RNAcentral lists this long non-coding RNA (756704 nucleotides) under Hordeum vulgare. Its description in RNAcentral is "long non-coding RNA (HVUL_LNC002673)". Lineage: Eukaryota; Viridiplantae; Streptophyta; Magnoliopsida; Poales; Poaceae. The record is from RNAcentral.
GACGCCACACAGGUGCUCAAUGAGGUGGAGGAGGUCAAAAAGGAGUACCCUGACGCCUACGUCCGUAUCAUCGGCUUCGACAACCUGCGGCAGGUGCAGUGCGUCAGCUUCAUCGCCUUCAGGCCACCGGGUUGCGAGGAGUCCGGCAAGGCAUAAAGUGCAAGUUGAAGUAACCGAUAUACAUGCCAUGUUAGUUCACAUUGGUCGGUCGGUAGCUCUGCUUUCUCAAUUUUACUUCUUGUUCCAAUCAUAUGUGAAUAUACGAGCAUAUGUAUGUAAGCACCUACCAACGUAGGUCGAGGAAGAUGCAUAUGAGAAUCAUAGUACCGGCUAUACAUACUUUGUUUGCAGCUGGAAAUGCCUAUGUCUUGUAUUGUUUUCUUCUCAUGCAUUUUUUGCUCAAUCAUAUGUUGUGUAUUAUCUAAUGCAAAAAUUGUUAUGGAAUACCAAAGUACUUCAAAAUACUAUGGAGAAACACAUAACAAGUGGUGAGAUCCCCUUGAAAACUACUCCCUUCGUUCCUAAAUAUAAGUCUUUUAAGAUAUUUCACUAGGAGUCUACAUACGAAGCAAAUGAAUGAAUCCACACUCUAAAGUAUGUCUAUAUACAUCCGUAUGUAGUCCAUUAAUGAAACCUCUUUAAAGACUUAUAUUUAGAAACGGAGGGAGUACUGGCAAAACAGUAGGGAAUUGACGAGAAACAUACAAUAACAAAAAACUAAAAACCAAAUUAGAAAACUAGAAAAAAGUACAAACAAAGGUUUCAAAACAAGACAAGGACAAACCUACCGUACCGCACUUGUCAUGUGAGCCGUAUUCCUGCAUCGAUGCAUCAAUAACAUGCCACUUUUUCUAACCAUUUUACACCACAAUUAGAUAUUCUUUUUAUAGUAUUACAGAAGGAUGAACUAUAUGCACCUCUUCUGGUGAUGAUUCAGUCCGGUCCAUGAUCGUUACAUCAGUGCGUAUGUCGAAACCCAUCACUUUCUAUCUCUGAUGAAAUAUAAAUAUAUUUUAUAUCGCAUCAUAUAAAAUUUACAGAAGACAUAAUAAAAGUGAAACUAAAACAACUAUUUUAUUUUGUAAAAACAAAAAACAUUUUUUUUUCAUAUUAUUGAAAAACGUGUUGCAUUUAUAUUGGAGCAAACAACCAAAUAUAAUGUUUAUAUUUAAAUAAGCAGUAUUCUCAAAUUUCUUAAAUCAUUUUAAUAUAUUUAUAUAGCCUAAGAAAAAUUGUCCGAGAAAAGUUAAAAACAUGCACGCGAUCCAACAUAAACCAAGUAUAUUCAGUUUUUUGUUUCAAAAUUGUGAAUUUUUAUGAUACUCUGAAUAUAUCAAAUAAGUAUAAAAAAUAUUUAUAUGUAUGAUCCAUGUUUUAUUAAUAUAUACUUUAAUAUAUAUAUAUAUAUAUAUGUGUGUGUUUUAAGACAACUUUUAAUAUAUAUGUUUCUUCGCAGGGAUUCUUUUUAGGCAUUUUUCAUGUGUGAAAUGUUGGUGAUUGAAGGCCCAAAUUGGCUAUUCGGGCACCGCCGAGCCAACACCCAAUAAACCUCUAAAAAAAUAAAAAAAUAAAUAUCACCAACCCUACUUCACCGGACGACCCAACCAGCCCUGUCUCCAUCACCCUCUCUCUCUCCGCUCCCUGUCUCACUCUCUCCACUCCUCGUCUCACUCCCUUGCACAGAAAAUCCUAUAUGUGGAAGACUGACCCACUCCACUCCCUCUGCUCUCGCCCCACAGCCAGCGACCUCGUCUUCCACCACACAUCCACCUCUCAUCCCUUUCCCUUCAACCAUCCACCGGCGACCAGUUGCGCGCACACACUAUAAGAAAUAUGUCAACUUUUGACCUUUCAUAUUGGUCAAUGAAUGGUCGUUGUUUUCCAUUUAUGACCUUUUUAUGACCGAAAACAAUUGGUAAAAAGAGGACCGUCUCUAGUGAACUAUAACAACCUUUCUUCUGGAAUGGUCGUAGCAGGCAAUGAUCAAAACGAAAAGGUCGUUGGUUCUACGACCAAUUGUUUUGGUCACUGGUUGUGUGCCCAGGCCACGUCAAAUCCAACGUGGCAAGCUGGCGUGGAAAAAUUACGUCCAAUUCGGUGUCCAUAUGGGCCGAGCCCAACAAUUCAGCCCAUUUAAUUAUCAUUUUUUGUUGUCAUUCUGGUCGGCUACAUGGGUCUCACCCGAUAUUUCAGCCUUUUUUUGGUCGUGGCCUUUCUGGCUCAAUGGUUCCAGUUUUUUUUCUUCAGAAGAUGGGUCCAAUAGACAAAUGGGUUCCGAUUGUCAGCUUCUAGUAUGAGGAUUCAUGUUUUCAAUUCACCAACAAAUAAAUAACCAAUAUUUAAUUCAAAACAGACAAAAAGAACACAUAAUACUUCAAAUAACAGCCACAAUAAGUCUAUUACAACAUAUAACUUAGAUACAAUGGUGAUCACAACCACAAGCUCUACAAGUGUAAACACAACCACAAGCUCUACAAAUGUAAUCACAGCCGCAAGCUCUAUAAGUGCCCUUUGAUAGCUUCGAGUGGACCUUUCAAGGGUCUUCUCCAUAGUGCCGACCAAGAUCUCACCCUUCAUGGGCAUCAGAGCAAUGCAACUAAACGUGGCAGGGAAAAGGACUACCUGCCAAAAGCCAAAUCUAUACAAGAUAUCAGCCUUUCAGUGGUGUAGAAUAUCAUAGAUAGAGACGUGCUUCAGCAUUACAUGGCAUGGAAACGUAGAAUGCAUUUUUUACAAAGGGCAUACAAUUGCAAAUUUACUAUCCACAAAACAAAUUAGAAAAAACAAAUAAAACAGUGAAGUGUAAAAAAUAUAAGCCAUAGUGUUUCUACUUCCCACAAAUGACUGACACCAUGGUGUUUCAACUACAUGGCAAUCUAGUCACUCAAGAUGCGUCACCAAUCUAGUCACUCAAGAUGCAUCUUGUAGAACACUAUUCUAUAAUAGUAUAUAUCGAGCAUGAUACAACAGAAGCUUGAAUUUAUGGUUUUUAUAAUUCGACAUUAUACAUCCCCGGUUAUAUAGACAUGUUUAUCACAUACUGUACACGACAAUAGAAGAAAAAUUCUAAUAAAUUCGUUAGAGGCUUUCCAAUAAAAAUGAUAAGUUACCUGCAUACCAGGAAACAUAAACUUGAGAGGUUCAGAUCAAGGCCAAUGGAGCAAUGCAUCAUAAUUAACAGUUUUAAAUACUAUAGGACCAGGAAGUAGGUGUCGCUUCAAAUUUAAAAACUCAACCAUUCAUCAUUAAGAGUAGCAAUUUAAUCUAAUAGUAAAACAAUGCUCCUAAAAUAGUUUUCACACUGGAACUAUGAGGCAGCUAAAUUACAAGAUAUGGUUUGCCCUUUUUUCACAACAUCGAUGAGCUAAAGGGUUCUGCAGGGUUAGGCAGCUCAUCUAAAACUAUGUAUUUACUCUAUGCCAUCAUGUAUUCACAAAGUGGUCGAUCAUUCUCACAUAUUUUAAUAUAAAGAAGGGAUCCUAGACAGCUACUUGUGUAGUAUACAUGGCAAUCUAGUCACUCAAGAUGCGUCACUGCUAUCCGCUAGAGCACACAACAUACAAACCACCACUAAAAUUGACGCGGGGCGCAAGGGUAGGGCGAAAUAUCACACCUUUCAGUUUGGACGGAGUGUAGAACUCGACGACAUCGAGCAGCCUCACCUCCAGCUCCACGUGCGAUUGCUCCUGGACCUGCCAUAUAAGGAAAAGACAUCAGGCCACGAGACCACGAGACCUGCAAUACGAGGAUUUUAUUAGCUCACUGGAUGGUGUGUACUUCACAUCAUAACCAAUUUGAAUACUAUGGUUUCUGAAAAAACUUUGGUACUAAAUACUUUGAGAUGUUUGGUUUAAAAAAUUAUUGUGGUUUAAGAUAUUGCGAUAUCUCUCAUACUGCAGUUUUUCUAUAUUACUUAAAAAAGUGCCCCCCAUCAUUUUUAAACAGAAACAUCCUAUUGAUUCUCUUUGCACUUGAAGCCACUACAAGAAAACCCAUGACUGAAAUCAUAACACCACCACUAAGAUCCCCGGUUGUAACAAGGAUCACACGGGUAGGAUACACUAUGCUUUGCUGGACAAGAAAGACAACAGUUUGCAGAAGGGGUGGAGAAGGGGCAUGGGGACGAACCAGUUCUAGAGGCCAAUGCGGAAGAAGUUGGACUUGCGGUAGGUGUAGCAGGGGAGCGCAUCAAUGCGCCAUUGUGUGAGCCACAACGCCGCCUCGACCGAGGACCCCACGACAUCGCAUCGAUCAUGGCCCCCCACGCCGCCGCCGCCGCCACCACCUCAUCGACGCAGCCCAGCAGCCCCAGCGCCCCCUUCCGCAGGCUCCCUGUGACCGCUCCUCAUGAACUGCCGCGAUCCCGCGCGCGCACGACCAAACCCCAAACGCCAACCACUCAGCACGACGACGACGUGGACAUGGAUAGAUCGCUGCGACGGAUGACUCACGGUCACAGCGGUAUGCAGGAGGUGUGCGCGCAGCCAAAGCGUCGCAGAGGGCUGUCCGUCCCGGUUAUUGGCGAGCGGCGCGCGCGUAAGAGCAUCUCUAGCAGAACCCUCAAACCCUUAAAUCUAAAACCAGUUUUAAGGGUUGAGAAUUGGCCAUUUUUGACACUUUUAAGGGUUGAAAAACAAGGGCAAAGACUAGAACCCUCAAACCCAACCCUUAUAACGGAAUAACCCUCAAACCCAACCCUUAUAACGGAAUAUUCCGUUAUAAGGGUUGGGUUUGAGGGUUCUAGUCUUUGUCCCAACCCCAACCCUUAAAACUGUCAUUUCAUAUAUCACACGUUUCAUCACAUUUCAUCAUAUGACAUAUCACAAAUUCAAUCACAUUUGACAUAAAACAAUAAUCAUUCUAGUUAUUAUUACACCACCGAAUAAAACAAUAAUCAUUCAAAUUAUUACAACAAUGUUUGAGCAAAUUAAAACAAUAAUACAUCAUAAUUCAUGAGUAAACAUUUGACAAUGGAGAUAAAAUGUAAAGUGAAAUAAUAGCAACUUUGGAAGAUCAUGAUAAUCUGAAGCAAAAUACAAGGUAAGCAUAUCAUGAAAAUUUGAAACCAAAUUAUUACAUGCUAACUUAUUUCUUAGCAGCAAUCUGAAGAAAAAUACAAGGUAAGCAUAUCAUGCAAAAUCUAUUUACUAGCCUGUAUUUGUAACUGAUUUCUUAGCAGCAAAAUCUGCCAUGAAAUCGGUAUCAAUUGCACAGGGCAAAACCUGAAACAACUAAUUGCACAGGGCAUGUAUCAAUUGCACACGGCAAAAUCUGUCAUGAAACCUGAAACCAUGAAACCUGAAGCAAAAUCUGUUAUGACUUGCCUGAAAAAAAUUCAGUUGGCUAGAAACUCACAUACACAGAGCAUGUAUCAAUUGCCUCUGUGCCAAUAAUUUUGUUCUACUUAUCUAGCAAAACCAGGAAGAGUAUGUACACUAGAGCUCGCGAGGGCACCAUGGUAGAAGUAUGGAGGUGGAGAAGGAUUGGAACAGGAGCUCAUCGGGGCGUCGGGGAACUGCUGCAGCGGCGAGGUGGGCGGCUCAGGCCGGGGCUGGCGCAGGGGCGGGCGCGGGGCCGGCCGGGGCUGGCACGGCGGCCGANNNNNNNNNNNNNNNNNNNNNNNNNNNNNNNNNNNNNNNNNNNNNNNNNNNNNNNNNNNNNNNNNNNNNNNNNNNNNNNNNNNNNNNNNNNNNNNNNNNNGAAUCCCACUUAUGAUUAACCCCUCUCGCAAGCAUCCGUAACUACGAAAGAAGAAUUAUGACAAAGUCAAACCAUAGCAUUAAACUAGUGGAUCCAAAUCAGCCCCUUACGAAGUAACACAUAAACUAGCGUUUAAGCUUCUGUCACUCUAGCAACCCAUCAUCUACUUACUACUUCCCAAUGCCUUCCUCUAGGCCCAAAUAAUGGUGAAGUGUUAUGUAGUCAACGUUCGCAUAACACCACUAGAGGAAAAACAACAUACAACAUAUCAAAAUACCGANNNNNNNNNNNNNNNNNNNNNNNNNNNNNNNNNNNNNNNNNNNNNNNNNNNNNNNNNNNNNNNNNNNNNNNNNNNNNNNNNNNNNNNNNNNNNNNNNNNNNNNNNNNNNNNNNNNNNNNNNNNNNNNNNNNNNNNNNNNNNNNNNNNNNNNNNNNNNNNNNNNNNNNNNNNNNNNNNNNNNNNNNNNNNNNNAGUAAUCCAACUAGCAUCAACUACAAAGAGUAGUCAACACUACUAGCAACCUUACAAGUACCAAUCGGAGUCGCGAGAUGGAGAUUGGUUACAAGAGAUGAACUAGGGUUUGGAGAUGAGAUGGUGGUGAUGAAGAUGUUGAUGGAGAUGAGUCCCCUCCGAUGAGAGGAAUGUUGGUGAUGACGAUGACGACGAUUUCCCCCUCCGGGAGGGAAGUUUCCCCGGCAGGAUCGUCCUGCCGGAGCUCUUGAUUGGUUCUGCUCAAGUUCCGCCUCGUGGCGGCGGCGAAACCAUGAUAAAGCUCCCUUCUGAUUUUUUCCUGGACGAAAUCCUCCAUAUAGAAAAAUAGGGGGGCAAGUGGGCCAGUAGGGUGACCACAAGCCCCCAUGGCGCGGCCUGGGGGGNNNNNNNNNNNNNNNNNNNNNNNNNNNNNNNNNNNNNNNNNNNNNNNNNNNNNNNNNNNNNNNNNNNNNNNNNNNNNNNNNNNNNNNNNNNNNNNNNNNNAUGCAUGUAGUACAUCCAAUCUGCAAAAUGGGAAUAAGAAAGUCAAAAAAAGAACAACAACAACAACAUAUAUAUGACAAAUGAGCUAAAUUGAAGAAGAAAGAGAAGAAGCAAGAAGGGAACAAGGAGAAGAAAAACAAGUAGGAGGAGGAGGAGGAGGGGAAGGAGAAGGAGAAAGAGGAGGAGAAGAACAAAAAAGAAGAAGAGAAGAAGAAGGAGAAGAAGGAGGAGAGAAGAAGAAGGAGAAGAAGGAGGGCUCCUUUUCCUUCUUCUCCUCCUUCUCCUUCUUCUUCUCUUCUUCUCCUCCUCCUCCUUCUUCUUCUCAUUCUCCUUCUCCUUCUCUUCUUCUUCUCUUCUUCUUCUUCUUCUUCUUCUUCUUCNNNNNNNNNNNNNNNNNNNNNNNNNNNNNNNNNNNNNNNNNNNNNNNNNNNNNNNNNNNNNNNNNNNNNNNNNNNNNNNNNNNNNNNNNNNNNNNNNNNNNNNNNNNNNNNNNNNNNNNNNNNNNNNNNNNNNNNNNNNNNNNNNNNNNNNNNNNNNNNNNNNNNNNNNNNNNNNNNNNNNNNNNNNNNNNNNNNNNNUAUGUCUUUUAGGAGCUUAAUUAGUCAUUUUAUUAUGUCUUCUUGUUCUCCUCCUCCUUCUUCUCCUUCUCCUUCUCUUCUCUUUCUCUUCUUCUUUUUGUUCUUCCUUUUCAUUUCUCAUCUUCUCCUCUUCUUGGAGCUAAAUUAGCUAACUAUGUAUUUUUGGAUCUAAAUGGUCUAAUUAUGUCAUUAUAGAGGAAAACAAGCUAAGUAUAUAAUAUUAAUGAGCUAACCAAGGUUCUUAUGCCAUUUUGAGCUUAUAAUGUCUUUUUGGAGCUAAAUUGGCUAAUUAUGUCAUUGGUGGGGAAAUUAAGGCAAGGAGAAUAUGAAAGAGGAGAAGAAAGAGGAGGAGGAGGAGGAGAAGAAGAAGAAAUAAAGAAGAAGGAGGAGAAGCAGGAGGAGGAGGAGAAGGACUAGAAGGUCCUUGGCCUUCUCCUCCUUCUCCUCUUCCUCCUUCUCCUUCUUCUGUUCUUCUUCUUCUUCUUUCUUUUCAUUUUUCCUAUUUCUUCUCAUGUUCUCCUCUUCUUGGAGCUAAAUUAGCUAACUAUGUCUUUUUGGAGCUAAAUGGGCUAAUUUUCCCAUUUUAUAGGAACACACGCUAAGUAUAUAAUAUUAAUGAGCUAACCAAGGUUCUUAUGCCAUUUUGAGGUUAUUAUGGCAGUUUGGAGCUAAAUGGGCUAAUUAUGUCAUUGUUGGGGAAAUUAAGGCAAGAAGAAUAUGAAAGAGGAGAAGAAAGAGGAGGAGGAGGAGAAUAAGAAGAAAUAAAGAAGAAGCAGGCGAAGGAGGAGGAGGAGAAGGACUAGAAGGUCCUUGGCCUUCUCCUCCUCCUUCUCCUCCUCCUCCUCCUCCUCCUCCUUCUUCUUCUUCUCCUCCUCCUUCUUCUCCUUCUCCUUCUCUUCUCUUUCUCUNNNNNNNNNNCUCUUCUUCCUUUUCAUUUCUCCUCUUAUCCUCUUCUUGGAGCUAAAUUAGCUAACUAUGUAUUUUUGGAGCUAAAUGGGCUAAUUAUGUCAUUGUAGAGGAAAACAAGCUAAGUAUAUAAUAUUAAUGAGCUAACCAAGGUUCUUAUGCCAUUUUGAGCUUACAAUGUCUUUUUGGAGCUAAAUGUGCUAAUUAUGUCAUUGUUGGGGAAAUUAAGGCAAGGAGAAUAUGAAAGAGGAGAAGAAAGAGGAGGAGGAGGAGAAGAAGAAGAAAUAAAGAAGAAGAAGGAGAAGGAGGAGGAGGAGGAGGAGGAGAAGGACUAGAUGGUCCUUGGCCUUCUCCUCCUCCUCCUUCUCCUUCUUCUCUUCUUCUUCUUCUUCUUCUUCUUUCUUUUCAUUUUCCCUAUUUCUUCUCCUCUUCUCCUCUUCUUGGAGCUAUAUUAGCUAACUAUGUCUUUUUGGAGCUAAAUGGGCUAAUUAUCCCAUUUUAGAGGAAAACAAGCUAAGUAUAUAAUAUUAAUGAGAUAACCAAGGUUCUUAUGCCAUUUUGAGGUUAUUAUGACAUUUUGGAGCUAAAUGGGCUAAUUAUGUCAUUGUUGGGGAAAUUAAGGCAAGGAGAAUAUGAAAGAGGAGAAGAAAGAGGAGGAGGAGGAGAAGAAGAAGAAAUAAAGAAGAAGGAGGAGGAGGAGGAGGAGGAGGAGGAGGAGAAGGACUAGAAGGUCCUUGGCCUUCUCCUCAUUCUCCUCCUCCUCCUCCUCCUUCUCCUUCUUCUCCUCCUCCUUCUUCUCCUUCUCCUUCUCUUCUCUUUCUCUNNNNNNNNNNAUUUUUGUUCUUCCUUUUCAUUUCUCCNNNNNNNNNNNNNNNNNNNNNNNNNNNNNNNNNNNNNNNNNNNNNNNNNNNNNNNNNNNNNNNNNNNNNNNNNNNNNNNNNNNNNNNNNNNNNNNNNNNNGGGUCUUCUGCAUCCUCUCAGUUGCAUAGCACCAACGAUCUUGCACCGGCCCACCCAAUCUUGCCUCGGUUGGUAGAUGUAAAAUCAAAUGCUGCAUUGGAUUAAAGAAGCCCGGUGGAAAGAUCUUCUCUAACUUGCACAACAACUCCGGUGCAAACUCCUCCAUGUCUUCUACCACGCCAGGCGACAAUUAUUUCGCACAAAGAACACGGAAGAAAUAGCUCAGCUCCGCCAGUACUAGCCAUUCAUCCUCAGGAAUAAAGCCACGUAACAUCACCGGCAUUACCCGCUCUAGCCAUAUGUGCCAAUCAUGACUCUUGAGACCAAAGAUUUUUUAUUUUUCAAGACUCGCUCCCCUCUUUAGAUUCGCUGCAUACCCAUCGGGGAACAUCAAGUGCAUUUUGACCCACAAGAUAAUUUCCCUCAUAGGUGGCCUUCCAAGAUUGAACCAGGCCUUUGGCUUCGACCACUUCUGCUUUCCUUUGCCUUCUCGCAUGUUUUGUAAUGGUCUAUGACAUACUGUCUCUUGAUCGACUAUAGCCUUAGUAUUAUCCUUUGUCUUCCCAUCUAUGUGAAACAAUGUACCAAAAUAGCCUCUCCGAUAUUCUUUUCAGUGUGCAUCAUGUCGAUAUUGUGUGGAAGAAGGAGGUCUUUGAAGUAAGGCGGAUCCCAGAAGCAUGGCUUGUGAGUCCAGGCGUGUUUUGAAUUAUACCCCUUGAAAUACCCUGGACGCUCUAGAUCAGGCUCGAGGGCAUUUAACUGAUCCAGGAUCUGUUGGCCUGUCAACACAGGUGGUGCCAAGUUCUUGACAACUUUACAUUUGGUAAAGUUCUUCUUGUCUUUUCUGAACUGAUGGUCAGGAUCCAGGAACUGUCUAUGCAAAUCAAAGCAAGAAUACUUCCGACCCUCCUGCAACCAAUGAAACUGAAGAGCUGCCUUGCAUUGGGGGCACGGGAACCUUCCAUGCACACACCAUCCAGAGAAUAGUGCAUAUGCCGGCAAGUCAUGCAUAGAGUACACGUACCACACAUGCAUUUUGAAGUUUUGUUUUCUAGCCGCAUCGUAUGUCUUGACCCCAUUAUCCCAAGCGUCUUCCAAUUCAUCCUUAAGCGGAUGCAGGUACACAUUCAUAUUCUUCCCCGGAUAAUUGGACCCUGGAAUUAUCAACGUCAGAAAUAUGUUCUUUCUUUGCAUAAUCUGCCCGGGGGGGGGAGAUUCAGUGGAAUGACAAAUACAGGCCAACAACUGUAUUGGGUUGCCGUCAUGCCGAAGGGAUUAAAACCAUCCGUGGCGGCGCAGACUCGAGGAUUUCUUGGAUCUGCCGCUUUAUCCUGAUGCAAUCCAUCGAAAUGUUUCCACNNNNNNNNNNAGAUUGAGUGGAAUGAAAAAUACAUGCCAACAACUAUAUUUGGUUGUCGUCAUGCCGAAGGGAUUAAAACCAUCCGUGGUGAUGCAGACUCGACGAUUCCUUGGAUCUGCCGCUUUAUCCUGAUGCAAUCCAUCGAAAUGUUUCCACGCUUCCCGAUCCGAUGUGUGUACCACCAUAUUAUUCCCAUCCGCAUCUAGUUCGGUUCUUUUGCCCAAUUUGUGCCAUGUCAUCUGUCUGGCUGUCUCUUCGACCAUGAAAAUACGUUGAAGUCUUGGUACGAUUGGCAUAUACCGAAGAACACUAACUGCGAUUUUGGUCUGCCUCUCGCACCCAUACCGUUGUCUACCACAAGAUACCUGCAAGACUCGCAAUUGGGACAAUAGUCCAAGUGUGCAUACUCCUUCCUAAAUAAGACACAUCCUUUCUCACAUGCAUCUAUCUUCUCAUAGGGCAUCUUAAGUACGCGAAGUAUUUUGUCCGACUGGUACAGGUUUGCAGGAAUGACAUGGCCUUUGGGUAGGAAACGUCCAAAUAGUGUCAUCAUCGCGUCGUAGCAUUCUCUUCCCAAGUUGAACUGAGCCUUCAGAGCCAUUACUUGUGCAAUUGCAUCCAGCUGACAGAGCUCGGUGUGCUCAUGGAGAGGUCGUUUUGAAGACUCCAACAUUUCAUAAAAGGCCUUUGCAGAUUCCUCCNNNNNNNNNNAUCGUAGCAUUCUCUUCCCAAGUUGAACAGAGCCUUCAGAACCAUUACUUGUGCAAUUGCAUCCAGCUGAUAGAGCUCAGUGUGCUCAUGGAGAGGACGUUUUGAAGACUCCAACAUUUCAUAAAAGGCCUUUGCAGAUUCCUCCAUCUCAUCUUCCGAAUCCCGAGCAUCAUCAAAGUCUUGCACCAUGUCUUCGAUCCCAGUACCAUGCUCGUCCGUGUGACGACGGACCACCUCAGCUCUUGUGCGUUGUAUAGACUCACCAUGAAAUGUCCACACCAUAUAAUUAGGCUUAAAACCCCUCCUCUGCAGGUGUUUAAUCAUUACAGCCUCUGUUGUCUUUUUAUAGUUGUCGCAUCCAGGACAGGGGCAAUAGUUUCUUUCCUCGCCAUUUGCGAAUGCGGCUUUCACAAAUUCCUUUGUUUUUAAAAACCAUUCUUUCGUCAUCUCUUUAUGACUAGGGUGACCGGUAUACAUCCACGCACGAUCACUCAUCUUGCGUAGCUACUAAAGACAGAAGAAAUAUAUUUAUAUAUAAUUCAUCAUCUAUAUUCAUCGGUUAAUCAUGUUCGCCAUUUUUAUUACGUCCAGGCAACCUACACGCUAAUAGGUAAAGAUAGGUCCUAAUCCCACUCGAGUAUGUGUAGACUGGGUUCGUUUUCCCAUGCUCUGCUCCGGAUCCAACGCAAAAUUUCGGCAGCACCUCCCCGCUGUUCUCUUGAUACACGUCUCCGCAAUAAACAGAGAGGAUGUGCAUCCGGAGAACAACAGGGAGGCAAUGACGAAAUUCCGCAUCGGAUCCAGAGCACAGCAUACGGGAAAACGAACCCAGUCUACACAUACUCGGGCUGUCCAUGGAUAAUGUUGGACAAUUCGAAAGGAUGGCGGUUAUAAAUAUGCAAAGACAUGCAUAUUUAUAGAUGUCGCCCUUUCGAAUGGGAGACGCAUACUGGUCACGCAUACUCAUGAUUGAAGAAACCUAUAGCUAGCAAGUUUCAUCGGCACGAAGACCGGGACAGAGCAAAUUAAGGGGGUAGGAGGAGAAGUCAUUUGUGCUCACCAACAAACGCAAGGGCGGAGCUCGUCCAACGCACGUGGAGGUCGUCGAACAACUGCACAUUGAAAUUCACCUGAUCAACACAAAUAUGAUGUUUUUAUAAUUAACAUAACUAUAUGACCUAACUCAUAACUAUGUGGGUCAGUGUCAUCGGGGGUCGAAGGUCACUGGCGUCGGGGAUUGGGGUCUUUUCGGUCAACAAGAGGCGGAAGAGGUGUCGGGGCUCGGGGGUUGGGGGUCAGUGGCGUCGGGGGNNNNNNNNNNNNNNNNNNNNNNNNNNNNNNNNNNNNNNNNNNNNNNNNNNNNNNNNNNNNNNNNNNNNNNNNNNNNNNNNNNNNNNNNNNNNNNNNNNNNAAGAAGAAGAGAUGAAGAAGAAGAGAAGGAGGAGGAGGAGGAGGAGGAGGAGAAGGCCUAUCCUUCUCCUCCUCCUCCUCCUCCUCCUCCUUCUUCUUCUUGAUUUCUUCUUCUUCUCCUCUUCCUCCUCUUUCUUCUUCUUCUCCUCCUCCUCUUUCUCCUCCUCCUCCUCUUUCUUCUUAUUCUCUUCCUCCUCUUUCUUCUCCUCCUCUUUCUUCUUCUUCUCUUCCUCCUCUUUCUUCUCCUCCUCUUUCUUCUUCUUCUCUUCCUCCUCUUUCUUCUUCUUCUCCUCCUCCUCUUUCUUCUUCUUCUUCUCCUCCUCUUUCUCCUCCUCCUCUUUCUUCUUCUCCUCUUCCUCCUCUUUCUUCUUCUUCUCCUCCUCCUCCUCUUUCUUCUCCUCUUUCAUAUUAUCCUUGCUUUAAUUAACCCAACAAUGACAUAAUUAGCCCAUUUAGCUCCAAAAUACCAUAAUAAGCUCAAAAUGGCAUAAGAACCUUGGUUAGCUCAUGAAUAUUAUAUACUUAGCUUGUUUUCCUCUAAAAUGACAUAAUUGGAAUAUUUAGCUCAAAAAGAAGGAGAAGGAAGAAUAAGAAGAAGAAGAGAAGAAGAAUAGAAGGAGAAGGAGAAGAAUAAGGAGGAGGAGGAGAAGAAGAAGAAGGAGGAGGAGAAGAAGAGAAGGAGGAGAAGGAGAAGGAGCCCUCCUUCUUCUCCUUCUUCUUCUCCCCUUCUUCUCCUCCUUCUUCUCCUUCUUCUUCUCUUCUUUUUUCUUCUUCUCCUUCUCCUUCUCCUUCCCCUUCCCCUCCUCCUCCUCCUCCUUGUUUUUCUUCUCCUUGUUCUCUUAUUGCUUCUUCUCUUUCUUCUUCAAUUUAGCUUAUUUGUCAUAUAUAUGUUGUUGUUGUUCUUCUACUUACUUUCUUAUUCCCAUUUUGUAGAUUGGAUGUACUACAUGCAUGGAAGCUGGCGUUGGAGUGCUUUAGUUUCCGUUUUUAUUUGAGUUGAUGAACAAUGUGUUGGUUCUUUGUAUGUGUUGAUGAACAAUAUAUGUGCAACUAUAUGUAUGUAUAUAUGGAUGAAACUUCGUAUGUGUUGGUUCUUUUGAUAUAUGGGAUGUACGUUGAUGAACAAAUGGCAUUGAUGAGCUUUAUAUGUAUAUAAUAUAUGUGUUGUGAUCUAUUUAUGAUAUAUGUGCUCUGAAUUAUAUGUAUAUGUAAUGUGAAAUAGAAAAAAUAANNNNNNNNNNNNNNNNNNNNNNNNNNNNNNNNNNNNNNNNNNNNNNNNNNNNNNNNNNNNNNNNNNNNNNNNNNNNNNNNNNNNNNNNNNNNNNNNNNNNAAUAACUUCUUUAAGCAUCCUGAUAGAGGUGUUGUGAUCAGCAUUACUAGUUGGGAUAGCUUCUACCCACUUAGUAACAUAAUCAACAACAACUAGGAUAUGAGUAUACCCGUUGGAUUUUGGAAAAGGUCCCAUAUAACCAAAGCCCAAACAUCAAAUGGUUUAAUGACAAGUGAAUAGUUCAUAGGCAUUUCCUGACGUUUACCGAUAUUACCUAUUCUUUGACAUUCGUCACAAGACAAGACAAACUUACGGGCGUCCUUGAAGAGAGUGGGCCAAUAGAAAGCUGAUUGCAAUACCGUGUGUGCAGUUCUGUCUCCCGCAUGGUGUCCUCCAUAAGCAUCGGAGUGACACUUCUGUAGGAUCUGUCCCUGUUCAUGUUCAGGUACACAACGUCUAAUAACACCAUCUACUCCUUCCUUAUAAAGGUGAGGAUCAUCCCAAAAGUAAUGUCUCAAAUCAAAGAAGAAUUUCUUCUUUUGCUGGUAUGUGAAACUAGGUGGUAUAUAUUUGGCAACGAUAUAAUUUGCAUAAUCAGCAUACCACGGUGCACUACGUGAAGUAUUGAUGACAUUCAAUUGCUCAUCAGGAAAGCUAUCAUCAAUAGGUUGUGGGUCAUCAAGAACAUUCUCCAACCUAGACAAGUUAUCUGCUACGGGGUUCUCAACACCCUUCGUGUCGAUAACAUGCAAAUCAAAUUCUUGCAGCAAGAGAACCCAUCUGAUAAGUCUAGGUUUAGCGUCUUUCUUUUCCAUGAGGUAUUUAAUAGCAGCGUGUUUAGUGUGAAUAGUGCCUUUGGAAUCAACUAUGUAAGGUCUUAACUUUUCACAGGCAAACACGACUGCUAAAAAUUCCUUUUCAUUAGUAGCAUAGUUCCUUUGGGAACUGUCUAGAUUUUUACUAGCAUAGUGAAUAACAUUCAAUUUCUUAUCAACUCUUUGUCCUAGGACAGCACCAACAGCAUAAUCACUAGCAUCACACAUGAUUUCAAAAGGUAAGUUCCAAUCAGGUGGUUGAACAAUAGGCGCAGUUAGCAAGGCCUUUUAAAGUAUUUCGAAGGCUUCCUCACAAUCGUCAUCAAAGCCAAAAGGAAUAUCCUUUUGCAAGAGAUUGGUAAGAGGCCUAGAAAUCGUAGAAAAGUCCUUAAUGAACCUUCUAUAGAAACCAGCAUGACCAAGGAAACUUNNNNNNNNNNACCUUUGAUAUCUGUAGGGCAUGGCAUUUUUUCGAUCGCAUCAACCUUAGCCUUAUCGACUUCAAUACCUCUUUCAGAAAUUUUAUGUCCUAAGACGAUGCCUUCAUUAACCAUAAAGUGGCACUUCUCCCAAUUCAAGACAAGGUAGGUAUCUUUACAUCUCUGCAAGACUCGAUCAAGGUUGCUGAGGCAAUCAUCAAAAGAAGACCCGUAAACGGAGAAGUCAUCCAUGAAAACCUCAACAAUCUUUUCACAAAAGUCAAAGAAUAUAGCCAUCAUACAUCUUUGAAAGGUAGCAGGUGCAUUACAUANNNNNNNNNNNNNNNNNNNNNNNNNNNNNNNNNNNNNNNNNNNNNNNNNNNNNNNNNNNNNNNNNNNNNNNNNNNNNNNNNNNNNNNNNNNNNNNNNNNNUAAAUCGGCAAGAGACAUCAUAGAACGCACCAUAUCCAGUAAAGUACGAUUACGACGUUCGAACACACCAUUACGCUAUGGUGUUCCAGGCGGUGUCAAUUGUGAAACAAUUCCACAUUGUCUUAAGUGAGUGCCAAACUCAUAACUCAAAUACUCUCCUCCUCGAUCAGGUCAUUGGAAUUUAAUCUUCUUUUUACGAAGAUUCUCAACUUCACUCUGAAAUUGACUAAACUUUUCAAACGUUUCAGACUUGUGUUUCAUUAAGUAAAUAUACCAGUAUCUACUUAAGUCAUUAGUGAAGGUGAGAAAAUUACAAUAUCCAAAGUGGGUCUCAAUGCUCAUCGGACCACACACAUCAGUUUGUAUGAUUUCCAUCAAGUCACUUGCCCGCUCCAUUAUUCUGGAAAAUAGGGUCUUAGUCAUCUUGCCCAUGAGGCAUGGUUCACAUGUGUCAAGUGAUUCAAAAUCAAGUGACUCCUAAAGUCCAUCAGCAUGGAGCUUCUUCAUGCAUUUUACACCAAUAUGACCUAAGCAGCAGUGCCACAAGAAAGUGGUACUAUUAUUAUUACUUUACAUAUUUUGGCAUCAAUUUUAUGAACAUGUGUGCUAUCACUUUCAAGAUUCUAUAAGAAUAAACCCCUCACAUUGGGUGCAUGCCCAUAAAAGAUAUNNNNNNNNNNAAAAGUCCAUCAGCAUGGAGCUUCUUCUUGCAUUUUACACCAAUAAGACCUAAGAAGCAGUGCCACAAGAAAGUGGUACUAUUAUUAUUAACUUUACAUAUUUUGGCAUCAAUUUUUGAACAUGUGUGCUAUCACUUUCAAGAGUCUAUAAGAAUAAACCCCUCACAUUGGGUGCAUGCCCAUAAAAGAUAUUACUCAUAUAAAUAGAACAACCGUUAUCCUAUGAUUUAAAAGAGUAACCGUCUCGCAAUAAACAAGAUCCAGAUAUGAUGUUCAUGCUCAACGCAUGCACUAAAUAACAAUUAUUCAGGUUUAUCACUAAUCCCGAUGGUAAUUAUAGUGAGAGCAUGCCAACGGCGAUCACAUCAACCUUGGAACCAUUUCGCAUGUGCAUCGUCACUUCGUCCAUCACCAACCUCCGUCUAUUCCGUAGUUCCUACUUUGAGUUGCAAAUGUGAGCAACUGAAUCAGUAUCAGAUACCCAGGCACUACAACGAGAGUUGGUGAGGUACACAUAAAUAACAUGUAUAUCAUAUAUACCUUGUUUGAUAUUGGCCGCCUUCUUGUCGGCCAGAUACUUGGGGUAGUUCCGCUGCCAGUGACCAGUCCCUUUGCAAUGAAAGCACUCAGUCUCUGGCUUGGAUCCAGCCUUGGGUUUCUUCACGGGAGGGGCAACUUCUUUUCCACUCUUCUUGGAGUUACUCUUCUUUCCCUUGCCAUUUUUCUUAAAACUUGUGGUUUUAUUGACCAUCAACACUUGAUGUUUCUUCCGAAUUUCUGACUCAGUGACUUUCAGCAUCGCAAGCAGCUCGGCAACUNNNNNNNNNNNNNNNNNNNNNNNNNNNNNNNNNNNNNNNNNNNNNNNNNNNNNNNNNNNNNNNNNNNNNNNNNNNNNNNNNNNNNNNNNNNNNNNNNNNNCUUCUAUCCUUCUCCUCCUCGUCCUCCUCCUCCUCCUUCUCCUCCUCCUCCUCCUCCUUCUUGAUUUCUUCUUCUUCUCCUACUCCUCCUAUUUCUUCUCCUCUUUCAUAUUAUCCUUGCUUUAAUUAACCCAACAAUGACAUAAUUAGCCCAUUUAGCUCCAAAAUACCAUAAUAAGCACAAAAUGGCAUAAGAACCUUGGUUAGCUCAUGAAUAUUAUAUACUUACCUUGUUUUCCUCUAAAAUGACAUAAUUGGAAUAUUUAGCUCAAAAAAGACAUAAUUAGGUAAUUUAGCUCCAACAAGAGGAGAAGAGGAGAAGAAAUAGGCAAAAUGAAAAGAAAGAAGAAGAAGAGAUGAAGAAGAAGAGAAGGAGGAGGAGGAGGAGGUGGAGAAGGCCCAGGACCUUCUAUCCUUCUCCUCCUCCUCCUCCUCCUUCUCCUCCUCCUCCUCCUUCUUCUUGAUNNNNNNNNNNNNNNCCUUCUAUCCUUCUCCUCCUCCUCCUCCUCCUCCUCCUUCUCCUCCUCCUCCUCCUUCUUCUUGAUUUCUUCUUCUUCUCCUCCUCCUCCUCUUUCUUNNNNNNNNNNNNNNNNNNNNNNNNNNNNNNNNNNNNNNNNNNNNNNNNNNNNNNNNNNNNNNNNNNNNNNNNNNNNNNNNNNNNNNNNNNNNNNNNNNNNGGCCCCCCCCAGAAAAAUGGGAUAUGAAUUUUUCGUCCAAAGAAAAUAAAAACUUCCUUAGACAACAAUGUUUGCAAUUCCAAGAUGCACCCUUGUACGCAAUAUUACAUCAUUUGAACAAACUAUGCCAUGAAUAUGGCCAUAAGAUUGAUCAUUUGGCUUGAAAGCCAUGAACCUUCACACCUGAUAACUCAUGUGUGAGAACACCAUUUUAAAAUAAUUUUCGUAUUAAAAGUUUAUUAUUUUUUCUGAUAACAUGGUCACAUAUAAUGACACAAUGCAAAGGUUUUCCAAUUUUGUGAUUUUUUUAAUAAAUUUCAUGCCCAUUUCAAUAGGCGGUCAAAACGACACGAAUGACCGUUCAUCGGUAGGGGUUCUAUCUUGAAAAAAAUUGGUGUUUUUCUGAUUAAAUAGAUACUUUUGUACAUAGAAAUAAUUUUUUGAAAAAAUAAAGUACAAAGUAUGAGGCAAUUGUAGUUCAAAUUUGACAAGCUUCCAUGUGAAUUGGCGGAAAUUUGUCUUUUUCGCGAGAGGUGGAUAAAAUCUUUUGACACCCAACCAUUUGGUCAAUUAUACAUUAAAUAUUGCCUAAUAGUUUUGAAAAUUGAUUUGGUCCAAUUUUACAACAAAUAUAUGGUAGGUCCUUCACAAAAAGAAUUGAUUUUGGGCACUCAAAAAAUGAAAAAUGAAUUAUUUCAUCCAAAGAAAAUGAAAACUUCCUUAGUCAACAUCGCGACACUAAAAAUGUGGUAUAAUUUUUUAAAAAUGGUGUAGUCCAAUUUUGCAAAAAAUAUUUAAUAUUUUCUGUAAUUUUUCCACCGAUUUGGGUAGAAAAAUCGUGUUUCGAGUUGGCCAAUGAGAGGCGAGAAAACUACCUUCAAGCGGAUCACCCAGUUGGACGCGAUCUGAGCCAUCGAUCAAAAUCCAUCCAAUGGCGAAGCCUCUCCUAAGAAAGCACAACCUAACCACCCACGCACCCACCCACCCUUCCUUAGUUUCCAGAUCCCAUCGAGCCGCCUCUUCAGAUCCCAUCGAUCCAUCGGCUCCUUCCUCCCCCUCCCUACCACCACCACCUCCGGCUACCACUCCACCCCAGCCCACCCCAUCUCACCUCCUUAGAGCAAGUCUAGUAGAACCCUCAAACCCUCAAAUCCUUAAAAAUAACCGUUUUUUUACAGUUUUCGUCGAAAAAACGGCGUAGACUAGAACCCUUAAACCCUUAAACCCGUAAAAAAAAUUAAAGGUCCAACCCGCAAACGCCAUCGCAGCCUGUAGAAGUGAGGGUUGGGAGGAGAAACUCCUCCCAACCCGCACUCCACUUCCUCUCCAGCGCGGGAGGGAUUUUCAUCCCGCUUCCGUCUCCAGCCGUCGCCUCCUCGCGCCCGCCUCGCCGCCAUGGAGACCNNNNNNNNNNNNNNNNNNNNNNNNNNNNNNNNNNNNNNNNNNNNNNNNNNNNNNNNNNNNNNNNNNNNNNNNNNNNNNNNNNNNNNNNNNNNNNNNNNNNNNNNNNNNNUCCUGUUCCAAUCCUUCUCCACCUCCAUACUUCUACCAUGGUGCCCUCGCGAGCUCUAGUGUACAUACUCUUCCUGGUUUUGCUAGAUAAGUAGAACAAAAUUAUUGGCACAGAGGCAAUUGAUACAUGCUCUGUGUAUGUGAGUUUCUAGCCAACUGAAUUUUUUUCAGGCAAGUCAUAACAGAUUUUGCUUCAGGUUUCAUGGUUUCAGGUUUCAUGACAGAUUUUGCCGUGUGCAAUUGAUACAUGCCCUGUGCAAUUAGUUGUUUCAGGUUUUGCCCUGUGCAAUUGAUACCGAUUUCAUGGCAGAUUUUGCUGCUAAGAAAUCAGUUACAAAUACAGGCUAGUAAAUAGAUUUUGCAUGAUAUGCUUACCUUGUAUUUUUCUUCAGAUUGCUGCUAAGAAAUAAGUUAGCAUGUAAUAAUUUGGUUUCAAAUUUUCAUGAUAUGCUUACCUUGUAUUUUGCUUCAGAUUAUCAUGAUCUUCCAAAGUUGCUAUUAUUUCACUUUACAUUUUAUCUCCAUUGUCAAAUGUUUACUCAUGAAUUAUGAUGUAUUAUUGUUUUAAUUUGCUCAAACAUUGUUGUAAUAAUUUGAAUGAUUAUUGUUUUAUUCGGUGGUGUAAUAAUAACUAGAAUGAUUAUUGUUUUAUGUCAAAUGUGAUUGAAUUUGUGAUAUGUCAUAUGAUGAAAUGUGAUGAAACGUGUGAUAUAUGAAAUGACAGUUUUAAGGGUUGGGGUUGGGACAAAGACUAGAACCCUCAAACCCAACCCUUAUAACGGAAUAUUCCGUUAUAAGGGUUGGGUUUGAGGGUUAUUCCGUUAUAAGGGUUGGGUUUGAGGGUUCUAGUCUUUGCCCUUGUUUUUCAACCCUUAAAAGUGUCAAAAAUGGCCAAUUCUCAACCCUUAAAACUGGUUUUAGAUUUAAGGGUUUGAGGGUUCUGCUAGAGAUGCUCUUACGCGCGCGCCGCUCGGCAAUAACCGGGANAAUAACCGGGACGGACAGCCCUCUGCGACGCUUUGGCUGCGCGCACACCUCCUGCAUACCGCUGUGACCGUGAGUCAUCCGUCGCAGCGAUCUAUCCAUGUCCACGUCGUCGUCGUGCUGAGUGGUUGGCGUUUGGGGUUUGGUCGUGCGCGCGCGGGAUCGCGGCAGUUCAUGAGGAGCGGUCACAGGGAGCCUGCGGAAGGGGGCGCUGGGGCUGCUGGGCUGCGUCGAUGAGGUGGUGGCGCCCCCCCCCCCCCGUCGUGGGGUCCUCGGUCGAGGCGGCGUUGUGGCUCACACAAUGGCGCAUUGAUGCGCUCCCCUGCUACACCUACCGCAAGUCCAACUUCUUCCGCAUUGGCCUCUAGAACUGGUUCGUCCCCAUGCCCCUUCUCCACCCCUUCUGCAAACUGUUGUCUUUCUUGUCCAGCAAAGCAUAGUGUAUCCUACCCGUGUGAUCCUUGUUACAACCGGGGAUCUUAGUGGUGGUGUUAUGAUUUCAGUCAUGGGUUUUCUUGUAGUGGCUUCAAGUGCAAAGAGAAUCAAUAGGAUGUUUCUGUUUAAAAAUGAUGGGGGGCACUUUUUUAAGUAAUAUAGAAAAACUGCAGUAUGAGAGAUAUCGCAAUAUCUUAAACCACAAUAAUUUUUUAAACCAAACAUCUCAAAGUAUUUAGUACCAAAGUUUUUUCAGAAACCAUAGUAUUCAAAUUGGUUAUGAUGUGAAGUACACACCAUCCAGUGAGCUAAUAAAAUCCUCGUAUUGCAGGUCUCGUGGUCUCGUGGCCUGAUGUCUUUUCCUUAUAUGGCAGGUCCAGGAGCAAUCGCACGUGGAGCUGGAGGUGAGGCUGCUCGAUGUCGUCGAGUUCUACACUCCGUCCAAACUGAAAGGUGUGAUAUUUCGCCCUACCCUUGCGCCCCGCGUCAAUUUUAGUGGUGGUUUGUAUGUUGUGUGCUCUAGCGGAUAGCAGUGACGCAUCUUGAGUGACUAGAUUGCCAUGUAUACUACACAAGUAGCUGUCUAGGAUCCCUUCUUUAUAUUAAAAUAUGUGAGAAUGAUCGACCACUUUGUGAAUACAUGAUGGCAUAGAGUAAAUACAUAGUUUUAGAUGAGCUGCCUAACCCUGCAGAACCCUUUAGCUCAUCGAUGUUGUGAAAAAAGGGCAAACCAUAUCUUGUAAUUUAGCUGCCUCAUAGUUCCAGUGUGAAAACUAUUUUAGGAGCAUUGUUUUACUAUUAGAUUAAAUUGCUACUCUUAAUGAUGAAUGGUUGAGUUUUUAAAUUUGAAGCGACACCUACUUCCUGGUCCUAUAGUAUUUAAAACUGUUAAUUAUGAUGCAUUGCUCCAUUGGCCUUGAUCUGAACCUCUCAAGUUUAUGUUUCCUGGUAUGCAGGUAACUUAUCAUUUUUAUUGGAAAGCCUCUAACGAAUUUAUUAGAAUUUUUCUUCUAUUGUCGUGUACAGUAUGUGAUAAACAUGUCUAUAUAACCGGGGAUGUAUAAUGUCGAAUUAUAAAAACCAUAAAUUCAAGCUUCUGUUGUAUCAUGCUCGAUAUAUACUAUUAUAGAAUAGUGUUCUACAAGAUGCAUCUUGAGUGACUAGAUUGGUGACGCAUCUUGAGUGACUAGAUUGCCAUGUAGUUGAAACACCAUGGUGUCAGUCAUUUGUGGGAAGUAGAAACACUAUGGCUUAUAUUUUUUACACUUCACUGUUUUAUUUGUUUUUUCUAAUUUGUUUUGUGGAUAGUAAAUUUGCAAUUGUAUGCCCUUUGUAAAAAAUGCAUUCUACGUUUCCAUGCCAUGUAAUGCUGAAGCACGUCUCUAUCUAUGAUAUUCUACACCACUGAAAGGCUGAUAUCUUGUAUAGAUUUGGCUUUUGGCAGGUAGUCCUUUUCCCUGCCACGUUUAGUUGCAUUGCUCUGAUGCCCAUGAAGGGUGAGAUCUUGGUCGGCACUAUGGAGAAGACCCUUGAAAGGUCCACUCGAAGCUAUCAAAGGGCACUUAUAGAGCUUGCGGCUGUGAUUACAUUUGUAGAGCUUGUGGUUGUGUUUACACUUGUAGAGCUUGUGGUUGUGAUCACCAUUGUAUCUAAGUUAUAUGUUGUAAUAGACUUAUUGUGGCUGUUAUUUGAAGUAUUAUGUGUUCUUUUUGUCUGUUUUGAAUUAAAUAUUGGUUAUUUAUUUGUUGGUGAAUUGAAAACAUGAAUCCUCAUACUAGAAGCUGACAAUCGGAACCCAUUUGUCUAUUGGACCCAUCUUCUGAAGAAAAAAAACUGGAACCAUUGAGCCAGAAAGGCCACGACCAAAAAAAGGCUGAAAUAUCGGGUGAGACCCAUGUAGCCGACCAGAAUGACAACAAAAAAUGAUAAUUAAAUGGGCUGAAUUGUUGGGCUCGGCCCAUAUGGACACCGAAUUGGACGUAAUUUUUCCACGCCAGCUUGCCACGUUGGAUUUGACGUGGCCUGGGCACACAACCAGUGACCAAAACAAUUGGUCGUAGAACCAACGACCUUUUCGUUUUGAUCAUUGCCUGCUACGACCAUUCCAGAAGAAAGGUUGUUAUAGUUCACUAGAGACGGUCCUCUUUUUACCAAUUGUUUUCGGUCAUAAAAAGGUCAUAAAUGGAAAACAACGACCAUUCAUUGACCAAUAUGAAAGGUCAAAAGUUGACAUAUUUCUUAUAGUGUGUGCGCGCAACUGGUCGCCGGUGGAUGGUUGAAGGGAAAGGGAUGAGAGGUGGAUGUGUGGUGGAAGACGAGGUCGCUGGCUGUGGGGCGAGAGCAGAGGGAGUGGAGUGGGUCAGUCUUCCACAUAUAGGAUUUUCUGUGCAAGGGAGUGAGACGAGGAGUGGAGAGAGUGAGACAGGGAGCGGNNNNNNNNNNNNNNNNNNNNNNNNNNNNNNNNNNNNNNNNNNNNNNNNNNNNNNNNNNNNNNNNNNNNNNNNNNNNNNNNNNNNNNNNNNNNNNNNNNNNGAGAGUUGCUAUGCACGUAUGAUUUCAUGUGGCACCCUCUAUUUUUUUUCAUUAGCAUGCAUGCAUCCAUGCCAUCUCAUUCCUUGGCUUACCUUUGAUUCUAUGUCAUGUUAUGUUUGCUUGUCAUGAUCAUGUGGGCAUAUGUGAUUACUAGGAGUUAGUGCUUGUGGUGUUAUGAUUGCAUGUGACCUUGCUAGGGUUUUUUUGUGGUAUUGCACUAGCUUGUGAUGCAUGUGUGUUUGGUGGUAUGUGGGUAGGAGUGAGUGCUAGAAUUUCAAAGGCUCUUAGCUAUUUUAAAUCCUUUUCCCUCCUAUUAUCUCAUGUCAAAAUUCCUUCUUCCCAAAAAUGAUUCAAAAAUGUCUAGNAGGUUAGAUUAAAUUGUGUUUAUGAGGUGGGGUAUUUUUGCGGACUUGUUAUUUGAAUUUUAAAGGUGCAAAUAAACCCAAAACGGUAAAUUAAUUUCUGUUUUGCAUUUAUUUCUAUGGCGCCAAAUAUUGCUUUUCUAUUUUUUUUCUAAUGGGCCAUAAUUCCUUAUGACCAGGGGAUUUUUCCUUUUAAGUUUAUACCCACCAGCUUAUUCGUUUUAUNNNNNNNNNNNNNNNNNNNNNNNNNNNNNNNNNNNNNNNNNNNNNNNNNNNNNNNNNNNNNNNNNNNNNNNNNNNNNNNNNNNNNNNNNNNNNNNNNNNNGCAAAAAUAGAAUCAGGGGCUGCUGGGAUUCGAACCCAGACCCCUGGUGUCCAGCAACAGCAACACUCCACUGCGCUGCUGCACUAGUUGUUGACAAGAGAAGAGAAAAAUGGCAAGGUAAGGUGACUGCAGGCCCAUUGAUACGAAUAAAUCACCCAAAACAACAAAAGGCGCCGAGGGGGGACUCGAACCCACGCCCUCCUACAGGCGCAAGCAUAUGACAGAGCAACACUACCAUCGGGCUACGGAUCGAAGACUGGCUAAGACAAGGAGGUAAAAUAGAAAACCCACCCCACUCACGAGAAGAACUCCGCCGGCGGCCGGACCCGAGGGAGCUGGCGGCGCCACUCCCGGCCACCACCGGUAGGGGAAGCUAUCGGCGGGGGCCGCGGGAACCUCAGGGGCUCCAUUCCCGCCCUGAGCACGGGAAAAGGCCUCCCCUUGGCUGCCCGGAACUGCAUCGGCGUUCCCUGCCGCCACCACUGCUAAGACUGCGCCGGUGAUAGAGAGCUCUGGCGCGCCACCCUGCUGACCCUGCUACGCUGCUAGGCUACACGUCGAUCUGCUACCAACACCCUGCUACACCACUACGCCUCGCCUCUCCACUCGACAACGCACGCACGAGCUCGGCACAGAAGAGCCGCUACUACUGCUCCUCUAUCAUGCUGCUGCUAACGAACAGAGGAAGCACGCGCCCGACGGGACCGAGCCGAUCCGCGGCGGAGGAAGGACGGGGGAGGACGCGGCCUCACCUUGGGAGAAGAUGGGGCGCCGAACGGGGAGGAGGAGCGCCGAACCGGGGAAGAAGACGUCGAAGAAGCUCCUCCGACGUAGACCGAAGCAGGGAAGGAGUUCGCCCGGUUCGCCCCGUUGACGAGGACGAGCUCGACGGGGGGGGGGUCUCUCCUCGGGGUCCUAACGCCGGGAAUGGGACGCGGGGAGCCGCCCCGAGCCCCCGGACAUGGCGGCCGUGCCGCCCGACGAUGCCCGCGGGUAGACGCCGGCGACUCUCUCUCUCUGCACCCUCUGCUAGCUACAGGAAGCUCACCUGGGAGGAAAGGAAUAGAUGGAGAUGGGGUUGGGAGAGGUGGCGGCGGCGGCUGAGGGGAGAAGAGGAACCCUAGGCUACGGGCACGGACGCCAACGCAUCUUAUAGGGGGUCCUCCACGUGCUGCUCACGGCGCCGUCAGGUCUCUCUCUCUCACACGUGCUGACGGAAAGAAGAAAGCGAGGGAGGAGAGGUAGCGCCGUCAGGAAGGAGGGGGUCGCUCGCCUGGGCUCUCGCUGGAGGGAGAUACAUGGGCCAGCAAGUGGAGGGAAGCCCACUGGCGGCCACUAUAAGAAAGGCCCCAGCAGCCUCUCCCAAAUAAAAGAAACACAAAGAAGNNNNNNNNNNNNNNNNNNNNNNNNNNNNNNNNNNNNNNNNNNNNNNNNNNNNNNNNNNNNNNNNNNNNNNNNNNNNNNNNNNNNNNNNNNNNNNNNNNNNGAUUUUCCAAACCUCAAUCAAGCGUCUGUGGAAGAUAGCCCUAUAAGAUACUACCAGAUAUCCCACCUAUGAAUUCCCGAAAUAACUGGUCAUGCAAUCAGGCACCCGGAUACAAGGAGUAUUUCACACAACUCCUAAACUAACCCGUCACCUGUAUCACACCCUUCAACACACGACCAGCAUCUCGGACCUUCGUCUACCACAGAUCCUCGUGAUCACCACGAUACAAAGUGUGGUAGUACCCGCGAACAAUCUACACCAGUACUGGGGACGUCGGGGUUAUCUCACCACUACCCGUAUUGAAGCAAUAACGAACACCCUCUGUUCUUAGGUACUCAGAAAUCUGAAUGAUGGCGAUGUGCGCGAUAAUCCCUGGAGCUCAACUCCCCUGAAACUUAGAGCAGAUAGGAGGCACCAGGACAUGAUUCCGUCACAUCGAAAUCAUAUAGAUUUCGCAAACACCCGCGUGAUCCUAAAAAAAUUUUGAGCGAGAAAAGGAGUAGAGUUAAAGGUUUCCUAAGACGGAAGCCUCACGAGAGCAAAGAAGAGGAGAAAAAUGAAACCUACUCUCCGAUAUAACUAAGACUCAAAACACUUACUAGACUCGACUCGGCCAAAUACGAUCACACAAAGGCUCCUAUGGUCGUAAGGCUCUGAUGACCAACUUGUAACGACCAAGAUGCGGUCCUUUCCGAUCUGGGGGUCGAGGCCCCCGAAUAGGAAAGAAGCGCAUCUAAGUGUUUUGCAAACAAGUAAACAUAGCACAUAAUAAUAAAUAUAGUAGACAAUCUGGGAUUCACUGUCUUCUUAUUAAUAAUACAGAGUACAACGCAGAUACAAACAAGGUAGUUACGGUACGGACUACAAAACAAGGAAAAUGCUAUGCUACCCGCUGCAGGUCCACGAUCACGACCACGGCUCAGUCCUCUGGAUAGUUCACGUAAAGGCGAUCUGUCUCCUCGUCGUACUGCCACGCCAGCUGGGUGCCAUCGGGAUCAUCGGUCUCUGGGGUACCUGUACCUGUUGGAAGUUUCGGAGGAAUCCGUGAGCCACGGGGACUCAGCAAUCUAAGACCUUGGUGCCAGAACUAGUCAUGUUAUUGGGUAAGGAAGGGAUGAAGUGUUUCAGGCUGCUGCAACCUAUGAUUGAAUAAGUGGCUAACUUACUCGAGAAGGAAGUGAAAGUGGUCUACGCUAACGAUCGAGAAUACUUGAUCAGAAAGUGAUCCUGAACACCUACCUACGGCAUUCAUAACCCCACCGUGUUCCGGAUCGAAGAGAGGUCUUCGAGGGGACAGUCACGGUUACUCACACAGUUGGCAUUUUUAUUAGUUUAGGUUUAAGUUCUCUAAUACCGGAUGUUGACAAAAUAUUCCAAGUUGCCACAUAACCACGGGCACGGCUUUCCGAAAGAUUAAACCCUGUAGGGGUGCUCCAACUAGUCCAUCACAAACGAACACAGGCCGCAAAGGCAUCCUCUAUCACGAAUCUCGUGAUCUCGUCGGAUUCCUUAGAAGAAAAUCUCAACUCUGGGGAAAACCAAAGCUUCACCGGGAUUCCUAUACGCAAGAUAUACCGCUAAGGCAAGACAAGACUAGCAGGACCUCCCGACGUGUCGACGACCCCGAUAAGAGCCGCGUAUCUCAGUCUCAGGACACGCCGGAUGGAACUAGCUACAGGUGCAAAACCUCAAGUUUCCUUGUGGUGGCCCCGCAGGCAGACCAGUUUGGACCAACACUCAUGAGGAGCACUGGCCCGGGUUGUUGAUUAGAAUCCUCGGGGUAGCUAUUCCCUAUGCAGUUUAUUAUUAAGUGAUUAGCAAAUAGUACCAAUGUUGGGUCCUGCUGGACAAGCCUUAACACUACGCGAUUUAUCAAGGGGGUCCCCAUAACAAUCCCGAACAUGUUAGGAGCGAUCAUUAUGGAAUCAAACACCGGUAACCGGUAACUAAGGCGGCAAUAACGGAACAAGACACCCGGGAAAAGGCUAGGCCUCCCGUCAUUUACCAAGUAUAUAGAUACAUUAAUUAAAUAACAGAAAUUAAAAUAAUGAUAUCAAGCUCAUGUCAUCACAUGAGUUAAGGCACCUGCAGCUAACAACGCUAACAUUAGUAGCUGAGCAAGCCUACCUAGCCAUGCAAGGUUGCUAGGAAAGAGUAAGGUGUUUAGGCUCAUGGCAUAUGAAGAGGCAAUAUAUUUUCAGUGGUAGGCAGCGAGCAAUAUGACGUGGGAUCGAAACUAACAUAACAAGUCUAGAUAUGGGAUCAAGGUCAUGUCAUCUUGCGUGUGAUAUUCUCAGCUUGGAAUGGUUCUUGAUCGUCCUGCACGUACUCUCCUGACUCCACGUAUUCGUUCUCCGGUUCUAACCAACACAAGAAUAACAGCCAAUGAAAAGAGGCACCACAAAAGGCAACAAUCACAUGAUGCAUGAGAUGAAAGUUGAGCAUGCACUACUAUUUCCAUCACUAGCACAAGCACAAUAAACUACAACAAGUUCCUGGGCAGAACUUUGCACUACCUUAUCUGGACAUGCAUGGGAAUGAUAUGAACAGUUGCAUCUCGUAAGAACGGUGCAAAACCAUAUAAAGAACUUUGCAAACGGAGCUACGGAUCAACGGGAAUCAACGUAACACGAUAUGAAGCUCUACGUGAAAGAUUCAACACCUCACACACAUUUGGCACAAAUCUGGUGUUCCCGGGUUGCCAAGACAUAUAUUAACCCAACAUGAAUGAAAUGAAGCAAGUUAGAACACCCCAACAACAAUUAAACACAAACUUUGAACAAAAAGGCAAAACUACGUAAUCUGCCAGUUUCUGCAUCUUAGCUGUUUGUGAGCAACAUGCAACAUAGCUACAGGUCUUCAAAUAUGACAAAUAAUAUAUGUGGCUGUUGCCAACCAAGAACACUACAAGCUCCAACAAGAAUCACAGAAAAAGGAAUUAACCUCUAGAAGAUACAAGGCCACAAACUUUCCCAAAACCAUCAGUUCUCAGGGACUUUGUGAAAAUUCCUGUACCUGAGAUUCUGUUUCUGUUCUGAAGCUUUUUUACAGGAAUCUAAACACAAGCUACUGGACUCCAAAUGACUUGAAAAUUGACAGGAAGCUUCACCAUCAUACCAGGUUCAAAACACUAGCACUGAACUAAGUCCAGUUCUCAACAGAAUGACCAGCACCUCCUUAUCUACAGGGGAAGAAAAUGUUUCCAGCAUUCCAGACUUAGUGAAAUUUUCAGAGUUCAAAAAUCUGGAAUUUUCCAGCCACAUGCCCACUUUGUCUAGGCAUAGUUUGCACACACAUGUUCCCAAGAGGUGAUUGACACCACUAUGGUGUUGGGCACAAACCCCUACUACUAACACACAAAGAUCCAUACCCUUGGGCUCCAUCUAUACCAUGGGAACAAAGCCCAAACUUUCAACAAAAUGUAAAUGCAAAUCCAAAAGGUAUUCUACUAAGAUGACAAUUACCUAGGAGGGUUUCAUGUGCACAAUGACAAAGUGACAUGGGGGUUUGAACCCCAUGUUUGUGUCAUGCACAUCAACAACACCCACACCCAUAUCCCAAAGUUAUUAGACCAAACACAUCACAAUGGGACCCUAGGCUAUCAAGAGAGUAUGCACACCUCCACAUAUAGGCAUGUGAUGGUGCACACUCUCACAUGCAUUACUAGGCUCACCCUAGUAAUCAUGUCAUACUCAAGGAGCAACCCCCACAACAUUCUACUCUAGCUUAUCUAGUAAGCUCCACCUUCACAUGCUAUCUUAGUUGGCCAACUAGAACAUCACUCCACACCAAAACAUGUGAUGAGGGGGAGGCACCCACACCCCACUAAAUCAAUGCAAACAAAUAAAACUACAAGAUCACUUAGCCCACACCAAAGUUCAAAAGUUGGGGCUAUACAAGAGUAGCUAGUGCCUCUUAUCACCUCAAAGCACAACACACACAAUUGUCAAGGCAUCUAACAUCAUCCACCUAUCAAGGUUAACUCCACUUCACUAAGGUGCACCCACCAUAGACAUCACAAGUAUAGCAAGAUCAUACAUCACCUCUUAGUGUGCAAAACACACACAUAACUAAAUCUACCCUAACUAUAUUAGCAGGAACAAAAAUACAACACCACUGUGUAAAGAGUUAGUUAACAGUAGAAAUAACAAAACUAACAAACCACUUUGUAUAGGAGUUAGGGGAACAGAAAUUAAAUAGGCAGGAAAAGAAAAGAAAGCAAAAAUAGAAUCAGGGGCUGCUGGGAUUCGAACCCAGACCCCUGGUGUCCAGCAACAGCAACACUCCACUGCGCUGCUGCACUAGUUGUUGACAAGAGAAGAGAAAAAUGGCAAGGUAAGGUGACUGCAGGCCCAUUGAUACGAAUAAAUCACCCAAAACAACAAAAGGCGCCGAGGGGGGACUCGAACCCACGCCCUCCUACAGGCGCAAGCAUAUGACAGAGCAACACUACCAUCGGGCUACGGAUCGAAGACUGGCUAAGACAAGGAGGUAAAAUAGAAAACCCACCCCACUCACGAGAAGAACUCCGCCGGCGGCCGGACCCGAGGGAGCUGGCGGCGCCACUCCCGGCCACCACCGGCAGGGGAAACUAUCAGCGGGGGCCCCGGGAUCCUCAGGGGCUCCAUUCCCGCCCUGAGCACGGGAAAAGGCAUCCCCUUGGCUGCCCGGAACUGCAUCGGCGUUCCCUGCCGCCACCGCUGCUAAGACUGCGCGGCGACAGAGAGCUCUGGCGCGCCCCUGCUGACCCUGCUACGCUGCUAGGCUACACGUCGAUUUGCUACCAACACCCUGCUACACCACUACGCCUCGCCUCUCCACUCGACAACGCACGCACGAGCUCGGCACAGAAGAGCCGCUACUACUGCUCCUCUAUCAUGCUGCUGCUAACGAACAGAGGAAGCACGCGCCCGACGGGACCGAGCCGAUCCGCGGCGGAGGAAGGACGGGGGAGGACGCGGCCUCACCUUGGGAGAAGAUGGGGCGCCGAACGGGGAGGAGGAGCGCCGAACCGGGGAAGAAGACGUCGAAGAAGCUCCUCCGACGUAGACCGAAGCAGGGAAGGAGUUCGCCCGGUUCGCCCCGUUGACGAGGACGAGCUCGACAGGGGGGGGUCGCUCCUCGGGGUCCUAACGCCGGGAAUGGGACGCGGGGAGCCGCCCCGAGCCCCCGGACAUGGCGGCCGUGCCGCCCGACGAUGCCCGCGGGUAGACGCCGGCGACUCUCUCUCUCUGCACCCUCUGCUAGCUACAGGAAGCUCACCUGGGAGGAAAGGAAUAGAUGGAGAUGGGGUUGGGAGAGGUGGCGGCGGCGGCUGAGGGGAGAAGAGGAACCCUAGGCUACGGGCACGGACGCCAACGCAUCUUAUAGGGGGUCCUCAACGUGCUGCUCACGGCGCCGUCAGGUCUCUCUCUCUCACACGUGCUGACGGAAAGAAGAAAGCGAGGGAGGAGAGGUAGCGCCGUCAGGAAGGAGGGGGUCGCUCGCCUGGGCUCUCGCUGGAGGGAGAUACAUGGGCCAGCAAGUGGAGGGAAGCCCACUGGCGGCCACUAUAAGAAAGGCCCCAGCAGCCUCUCCCAAAUAAAAGAAACACAAAGAAGGAAAAGAAAUAAAACGAAUAAGCUGGUGGGUAUAAACUUAAAAGGAAAACUCCCCUGGUCAUAAGGAAUUAUGGCCCAUUAGAAAAAAUAGAAAAGCAAUAUUUGGCGCCAUAGAAAUAAAUGCAAAACAGAAAUUAAUUUACUGUUUUGGGUUUAUUUGCACCUUUAAAAUUCAAAUAACAAGUCCGCAAAAAUACCCCACCUCAUAAACACAAUUUAAUCUAACCUCCAGACAUUUUUGAAUCAUUUUUGGGAAGAAGGAAUUUUGACAUGAGAUAAUAGGAGGGAAAAGGAUUUAAAAUAGCUAAGAGCCUUUGAAAUUCUAGCACUCACUCCUACCCACAUACCACCAAACACACAUGCAUCACAAGCUAGUGCAAUACCACAAAAAAACCCUAGCAAGGUCACAUGCAAUCAUAACACCACAAGCACUAACUCCUAGUAAUCACAUAUGCCCACAUGAUCAUGACAAGCAAACAUAACAUGACAUAGAAUCAAAGGUAAGCCAAGGAAUGAGAUGGCAUGGAUGCAUGCAUGCUAAUGAAAAAAAAUAGAGGGUGCCACAUGAAAUCAUACGUGCAUAGCAACUCUCGUGGCAAAGUCAAGGUGGUCCCACAUGUAAGGUUACAAAAAGGGAAAAACCUACACUUGGGGCAUUACAAUGGGCCUGUUGUCUGCACGAAGGGGCAGCAGCCGGACAGAUAUCGGAACAAAUCUGACCGGCCAACUGGGCUUCAAAUAAAUCUGGCCGGCCUGCAUCUACAUUGUACUAAACAGCCUGAGGAAGCUGUCGACACAGUUUAUUACGACCUAGUGGCCAACCCUUUGGUUUAAUUAACAGAACCAAUCCAGUUUGUGGAACAGAAAUCCUUCUUUACACCAAAAUCUUCUAUUCUGUGUUGUUUCAGAAAUGAACUCUGAAUUCUGCAAGAGAUUGACACGGGUGUUUGCGCUGCUAAUACUAAUGCAGCUUUUUUGUUUUGCUCUCUUUAUUCAAUCUGAUACUGAAAGCCAGCUCCUGACCGUGCCAUCCCCCCCCCCCAAAUAGUUAUGACAUAUAGUUUGUGUUUAUAUUAAGUCUAUGAUCAAACUUUAACUCCAGGAUGUCUUAUCUGUACCACUAUAUAGUGUAUCAGUUUUGAAUGGAUCCAAAUCAUGAAUCCUGAUCGUUGAUAUCCUCAAUCUCCCACUUGCCUAUUUCAUCAUCGCAGGAUCAGUAGAGUUGGGCCAAUGGACUUAAGUCAAAAUUCUAUAUUGAACGUUGGGUACCUCCAUGGCAAGAGAAGGAUAUAGAGAAGAGACAGCAGAGCCGACCUGCUCAGCCAACUUUAAGUUUUAUUCUACAUCAUUACAUUGAGAAAGAACACCGAUUUACAACUAUGUUGACUAGCUAGCUACUAGCUUAUAGUCCAUAAGAUUUACAUGUAAGUAUUGAGAGCUUCGAUACGUGCCAUCCCUCCAUGCGCUCAAACUUGCAAGUGGCAUGUAUUCCAAUAACUAUCUGCCUAUGUAUGAAUCCUGGUAGGGAUGUGACAUUGACAUAGUGCAUAAUAUUAGAAAUUUUCAAUCAUAUGCAUGAAUAUAUGCAUUAUAUUCAUCUACGUGUCAUCUCUCUAAUGACUCCAUCGUAAGGAGCUAGCCCAUACAUGGCGUAACAAAGCAGUAUCAUGAGUAGUGGUAUGGUCAUGGAAUUUUUUGUUUUGCGGGGUCGUGGAAAUUUCUGGUGCGCUCCAGAGAGAAAUCACCCCCGUAGGACCAAAAUAAUAGCACUACCUUCGGUCUUGAGUUUCUGGAGAUGCAAUGGGCACUUGAUCCAACCUGCUCCAUAGUCAAAAUCAAUCAGGUUAGUUGUUGCAUCUCUUUUAACGAUUUACUUCAGUUUGUACUAACCCCUGCUUCAACAUGGAUAGUGGGACGUCAGCCGGGGAGGGAACUGGCGGUGCUGGAGGGAGGCCCGACCUGUGGUUCGACCUACACUCCCGCUUGGUGGCGAACGGAGACAGGCAGGGAGGGAGGCCUACCCUCCCGCCAUGUCACGCAGACGGACGACGGCGGCGUCAGCCGGGAGGGCACUGGCGGGAGGCCCGACCGGAGGUGUGGUGGAGGGAAGCCCGAUCGGAGGUGGCCUACCCUCCCGCCAUGUCGCGCAGACGGAAGAGGGCUGCCGGGGAGGGCACCGGCGACGGCGGCUGUGAACCCUAGAUAUUUUCACCAGAGGGAGGGAACCACCAGUCGGGAGAGCGAGGGGCUGGUGCACUCGUUGGUUUUUUUUAUCCGGUGUGUUCUUUUUCCACUCGCGGGAGGUAGGCCACCUGUGUUUUUAGUCUUUGACGUCUUCAUAACGACGUAUCUCACGGCAAAGAUUAAUUUUUGCCGCCUUCUCUUGCUAAUCCAAGACGGCAAAACUGCCUGCCGUUUGGGUGAGUUAACAGGAACGUGGACAUCUUUGUUUGCAGUCAUCCAUAGGAUAAGUGUUGGAAUUAUGCCCUAGAGGCAAUAAUAAAUAUAGUUAUUAUUAUAAUUCCUGUAUCAAGAUAAUCGUUUAUUAUCCAUGCUAUAAUUGUACUGAAUGAAGACUCAUUUACAUGCGUGCAUACAUAGACAAAACACUGUCCCUAGCAAGCCUCUAGUUGGGUAGCCAGUUGAUCAACGAUAGUCAGUGUCUUCUGAUUAUGAACAAGGUGUUGUUGCUUGAUAACUGGAUCACGUCAUUAGGAGAAUCACGUGAUGGACUAGACCCAAAUUAAUAGACGUAGCAUGUUGAUCGUGUCAUUUUAUUGCUACUGUUUUCUGCGUGUCAAGUAUUUAUUCCUAUGACCAUGAGAUCAUAUAACUUACUAACACCGGAGGAAUACUUUGUGUGUAUCAAACGUCGCAACAUAACUGGGUGACUAUAAAGAUGCUCUACAGGUAUCUCCGAAGGUGUUCGUUAAGUUAGUAUGGAUCGAGACUGGGAUUUGUCACUCCGUGUGACGGAGAGGUAUCUCGGGGCCCACUCGGUAAUACAACAUCAGACACAAGCCUUGCAAGCAAUGUGACUUAAUGUAAGUUGCGGGAUCUUGUAUUACGGAACGAGUAAAGAGACUUGCCGGUAAACGAGAUUGAAAUAGGUAUACGGAUACUGACGAUCGAAUCUCGGGCAAGUAACAUACCGAAGGACAAAGGGAAUGACAUACGGGAUUAUAUGAAUCCUUGACACUGAGGUUCAAACGAUAAUAUCUUCGUAGAAUAUGUAGGAUCCAAUAUGGGCAUCCAGGUCCCGCUAUUGGAUAUUGACCGAGGAGUCUCUCGGGUCAUGUCUACAUAGUUCUCGAACCCGUAGGGUCUGCACACUUAAGGUUCGACGUUAUUUUAUGCGUAUUUGAGUUAUAUGGUUGGUUACCGAAUGUUGUUCGGAGUCCCGGAUGAGAUCACGGACGUCACGAGGGUUUCCGGAAUGGUCCGGAAACGAAGAUUUAUAUAUAGGAUGAUCUCAUUUGAUUACCGGAAGGUUUUCGGAGUUACCGGGAAUGUAUCGGGAAUGACGAAUGGGUUCCGGGAGUUCACCGGGGGGGGGGGGCAAGCCACCCCGGGGAAGCCCAUAGGCCUUGGGGUUGGCGCACCAGCCCUUAGUGGGCUGGUGGGACAGCCCAAGAAGGCCAUAUGCGCAUUGGAAAGAAAAUCAAAGAGGAAAGGGAAAAAAAAGGAGGUGGGAAAGGGAAGAAGGACUCCACCUUCCAAACCAAGUAGAAUUCGGUUUGGGAGGGGGAGGCCUUCCCCCUUGGCUCGGCCGACCCCCUUGGGAGUCCGUGGACCCCAAGGCAGGUCUUCCCCCUCCUCCUCCUAUAUAUAGUGGGGUUUUAGGGCUGAUUUGACACAACUUUGCCACGGCAGCCCGACCACAUAUCUCCACGGUUUCACCUCUAGAUCGCGUUUCUGCGGAGCUCGGGCGGAGCCCUGCUGAGACAAGAUCAUCACCAACCUCGGAGUGCCAUCACGCUGCCGGAGAACUCUUCUACCUCUCCGUCUCUCUUGCUGGAUCAAGAAGGCCGAGAUCAUCGUCGAGCUGUACGUGUGCUGAACGCGGAGGUGCCGUCCGUUCGGCACUAGACCAUGGGACUGUUCGCGGGGCGGAUCGAGGGACGUGAAGACGUUCCACUACAUCAACCGCGUUCACUAAACGCUUCUGCUGUACGGUCUACAAGGGUACGUAGAUCACACAUCCCCUCUCGUAGAUGGACAUCACCAUGAUAGGUCUUCAUGCGCGUAGGAAAUUUUUUGUUUCCCAUGCGACGUUCCCCAACAAUAAGUAGACAGCAAAAAUCCUGCCUUUGCCGUCAUCUACCCAUAUAGUUAAAGGCAAAACUAUUUUUUGCCGUGUGGUUUUUUUGCCGUCUGCUUUUCAUGAUUUUUGGUGAUAGUAGCUCUUUGCCAUCUUCCCAUGACGGCAAAUUUCCCAUUUGCCGUCUGCCCCGACGAUUUGCUGACGGCAAAGAUUGUACCUAUCAUCAAAAUAGCUGAUUCCUGUAGUGUACGUGUAAGGUCGGUCCGGGCCGCUUCAUCCCACUAUACCGCCGGAAAAUAAUAAGACUAGUAGUGGCAAGAAAUUGACAAAUCAUUGCCCACAACCUUUUGUGUUCUACUCGUGCAUAGAAUCUACGCAUAGAAAACCUGGCUCGGAUGCCACUGUAGGGAAACGUAGCAUAAAUUAAAAAAAGUUCCUACGCAUAUUCAGAUCUUCCUAUGGAGAGACGAGCAACGAGAGAGGGGUGAGUGCAUCUUCGUACCUUUGAAGAUCGCUAAGCGGAAGCGUUGCUAGAACGCGGUUGAUGGAGUCGUACUCACGGCGAUUGAGAUCACGGUGUGAUUUCGAUCUAGUGCCGAACCACGGCACCUCCGCGUUCAACACACGUGCAGCCCGGUGACGUCUCCUGCACCUUGAUCCAGCAAGGAGGAGGGAGAGGUUGGGGAAGAUCUCCGGCAGCACGACAACAUGGUGUCGAUGGAGAGACGAGGUCUCCCGGCAGGGCUUCGCCAAGCACCGUGGGAGAGGAGGAAGAAGGGGGGCAGGGCUGCGCCGAGGGAGAUGGAAAACCGUGUGCAAAACAGCCCCAAAACCCCCACUAUAUAUAGGAGGAGGGGAGGGGGGUGCCACCCCUAAGUUCCCACCCCAGAUGGGAGGUGCGGCGGCCAAGGCAGGGGGAGGGGGUGGCGCACCCCUAGGUGGGCCUUAGGACCACCAGCGCCUAGGGUUUCCCCCCCUCUCCACCUCCUGCGCCUUGGGCCUCCUUGUGGGAGGCGCACCAGCCUACUUUAGGCUGGUUUCCCUCCCUCUUUUGGCCCAUGCUACCUCUUGGCGCUGGUGGCCCCUCCCAGUGGACCCCCGGGACCAUUUCCGGUUGUCCCGAUGGUCCCGGUACAUUACCGGUGACGCCCGAAACAUUUCUGGUGUCCAAAACCAUCCAUCCUAUAUAUCAAUAUUUACCUCCGGACCAUUCCGGAGCUCCUCGUGACGUCCGGGAUCUCAUCCGUGACUCCGAACAACUUUCGGUAACCUCGUAUAACAAUUCCCUAUAACCCUAGCGUCAUCGAACCUUAAGUGUGUAGACCCUACGGGUUUGGGAGACAGGCAGACAUGACCGAGACACCUCUCCGGCCAAUAACCAUUAGCGGGGUCUGGAUAUCCAUGGCGGCUCCUACUUUCUCCACGAUGAUCUCAUCGGAUGAACCACGAUGUCAAGGAUUCAAUCAAUCCCGUAUACAAUUCCCUUUGUGUGUCUGUAUAGAACUUGCCCGAGAUUCGAUCAUCGGUAUACCUAUACCUUGUUCAAUCUUGUUACCGGUAAGUCUCUUUAGUCGUUCCGUAGCACGUCAUCGUGUGACUAACUCCUUAGUCACAUUGAGCUCAUGAUGAUGUGCUACCGAGUGGGCCCAGAGAUACUUGUCCGUCACGCGGAGUGACAAAUCCCAAUCUCGAUUCGUACCAACCCAACAGACACUUUCAGAGGUACCCGUAGUGCACCUUUAUAGUCACCCACUUACGUUGUGAUGUUUGAUACACCCAAAGCACUCCUACGGUAUCCGGGAGUUGCACAAUCUCACGGUCGAAGGAAAAUACACUUGACAUUAGAAAAGCUUUAGCAUACGAACAAAACGAUCUAGUUCUAUGCUUAGGAUUGGGUCUUGUCCAUCAGAUCAUUCUCCCAAUGAUGUGAUCCCGUUAUCAAUGACAUCUAAUGCCCAUGACCAGGAAACCAUGAUCAUCUAUUGACUAAUGAGCUAGCCAACUAGAGGCUUGCUAGGGACACAUUGUGAUCUAUUUAUUCACACAUGUAUUACUGUUUCCUGUUAAUACAAUUAUAGCAUGAACAAUAGACGAUUAUCAUGAACAAGGAAAUAUGAUAAUAACCAUUUUAUUAUUGCCUCUAGGGCAUAUUUCCAACACAAAGAUCCACCGGAGGGGAUGGGCCGGUGGGCCACAAGCCCUGUAGCCGCCACCUCCUGGUGGCGGCUAGCAAGCUUGUGGGGCCCAUGUGGCUCUGCCGCCCCCAAUCUCAGCUCUAUAAAUUCACUUUCGUCCCAGAAAAAAAUAAAAAGAGAAGAUUUCAUCGCGGUUGCAAUACGAAGGCGCCGGCACAUCCUGUUCUUCAUCUGGAGGGCAGAUCUGGAGUCCGUUUUGGGCUCUAGAGAGGGGAAAUCAUUGCCAUCGUCAUCAUCAACCUUCUUCCCUCUCCAAUUCCAUGAAGCUCUUCGUCGUUCGUAAGUAAUCUAUUUGUAGGCUCGCAGGGCGGUGAUGAGUAGGAUGAGAUCUAUCAUGUAAUCGAGUUAGUUUUGAUGGGGAUUGAUCCCUAGUAUCCACUAUGUUCUGAGAUUGAUGUUGCUACUACUUUGCCAUGCUUAAUGCUUGUCACUAGGGCCCGAGUGCCAUGAUUUUAGAUCUGAAAUUAUGAUGUUGUCACCAAUAUAUGUGUGUUUUAGAUCCGAUCUUGCAAGUUGUAGUUACCUACUAUGUGUUAUGAUCCGGCAACCCCGGAGUGACAAUAACCGGAACCACUCCCGGUGAUGACCAUAGUUUGAGGAGUUCAUGUGUUCACCAAGUGCUAAUGCGUUGGUCCGGUUCUUUAUUAAAAGGAGAACCUUAAUAUCCCGUAGUUUCCUUUUGGACCCCGCUGCCACAGGAGGGAUGGACAAUAGAUGUCAUGCGAGUUCGUUUCCCUAAGCACGUAUGUCGACACAGGGAAUGCAUGCCUACAUCACAUUGACGAACGGGAGCUAGCCACAUAUCUCUCCGUGUUAUAACUGUUGCAUGAUGAAUAUCAUCCAAACAAAUCACCGACCCAUUGCCUACAAGUUUGUCCCACUGCUGCUGUUACUUGUUUUCCACUGCUGCUGUUACUUGUUUUGCUCUGCUGUUACUUGCUACUGUUGCUACUUGCUACUGCUAUUACUUGCUACUGUUGCCGCUGCUGUUACUUGCUCUGUUGCUACUUUGUUGUUGAUACUUUGCUUGCAGAUACUAAUCUUUCAGGUGUGGUUGAAUAUGACACAUUCAGCUGCUAAUACUUGAGAGUAUCCUCUCACUUCCUAUUGGCGAACCAACAAAUUUGGGUUGAAUACUCUACCCUCGAAAACUGCCUCGAUCCCACGCGCUCGUGGGUUAUUGCAAGACAAUUUCUAAUUGAUGAGCAAUCGAGAAUAGCAGUCGUCUAGCCAUUGCCAGAGACUGUGAGUCAGUGACGUACGAACUUAUUUCGAUGACCAACACAAAACUUUCCAUAUAUCUAUCUUUACCUUCGGACCAUUCCGUAGCUCCUUGUGAUGUCCAUGAUCUCAUACGAGACUCCGAACAACCUUCACUCACCAACAUACAUAACUCAAUAAUACCAAAAGGUCACCGAACCUUAAGUGUGCAGAACUGAUACGUCUCCAACGUAUCUAUAAUUUUUGAUGGUUCCAUGCUAUUAUCUUGUCAACUUUGGGUGUUUUGUAUGCAUGAAUAUGCUAUUUUAUAUCUUUUUUGGGACUAACCUAUUAACUCAGUGCCAAGUGCCAGUUCCUAUUUUUUCCGUGUUUUUGACCUUUUUCAGAGGAGAAUAUUAAAUGGAGUCCAAACGGAAUGAAACCUGCGGAAUGAUUUUUUCCAUAACAGAAGACACGCAGGAGACUUGAGAACCAAGGCACGGGACCUCAGAGGAGGUCACAAGCCACCCAGGCCCGGCCUAGGGGGCGUGGCGGGCCUCGCAGGCUUGUGGCCCCCCUGUGGCUCCCCUGCCCUAGUUCUUCCGCCUAUAAAUUCCCUAAAAAUCUGAAAACACGGAAGAGAGCCACGAAAAUACUUUUCCGCCGCCGCAAGCUUCUGUCUCCGCAAGAUCCCAUCUAGGGCACGCUCUGGUGCCCUGCCGGAGGGGGGAUUCAGACACGUAGGGCUUCUUCAUCAACACCAAUGCCUCACUGAUGAUGCGUGAGUAGUUCACCAUAGACCUUCGGGUACAUAGCUAGUAGCUAGAUGGCUUCUUCUCUCUCUUGGAUCUUCAAUACAAAGUUCUCCAUGAUCUUCAUGGAGAUCUAUCCGAUGCAAUCUUUUUUUGCGGUGUGUUGGUCGAGAUCCGAUGAAUUGUGGAUUUAUGAUCAGAUUACCUAUGAAUGUUAUUUGAGUCUCCUCUGAUCUCUUAUAUGCAUGAUUUCGUAUCCUUGUAAUUCUCUUCGAGUUGUGGGUUUCGUUUGGCCAACUUGAUCUAUAAUUCUUGCAAUGGGAGAAAUGCUUGCUUUUGGGUUCAUACCGUGCAGUGACCUCUCCCAGUGGCAGAAGGGGUAGCGAGGCACGUAUCGUGUUGUUGCCAUCAAGGGUAAAAAGAUGGGGUUUAUAUCUAUUGCAUGAGUUUAUCCCUCUACAUCAUGUCAUCUUUCUUAAGGCGUUACUCCAUUUGUCAUGAACUUAAUACACUAGAUGCAUGCUGGAUAGCGGCCGAUGUGUGGAGUAAUAGUAGUAGAUGCAGAAAGUAUCGGUCUACUUCUCUCGGAUGUUGUCGUGGGUAUAAGUCUGACAGUAGAUCUAUAGGGUCCGAAAGGAUGGGCACAACCUUAGCUACGGCGAGGUUGUAUGAGUUCAGGCCCCUCUACGGUGGAGGUAAAAGCCCUACGUCUCAGUGCUCUUGGGAGCUUGAUGUCGAGUGGAAUAUGGAUUACAGUGAAUUCCCAACCCCUGCACCAGUACGGAAGGGCGGCUUAUAUAGAGUGCGCUGCCCUCCAUAACGGUUCGAUGCACAGGGGUGGAGUAGUGGCGAAUAAAUGCCUACGUUACAGGUAACGUAUGCCCUAAAUGCUAAUAAAGGUACAUGAAAACGUAUGACCGUUGUCCUCCACGGGGGUUACGAUAUACAUAGUGGAAUCCAGUCGGUAAGCUUGAUACUCUCCGAAUGCACGUCUCCGACUGGAUGAUGGAGGGAUCGUCACCGACCGGAUGAUGGGAAGUCUUUAAUUCAGUCGAAACUGACUAAGGUCCUUGUCCCUUAUGAAGGGUAGUCCUGGGGUAGGACCUAUAGGGCAGGCCUAUGACCCUACCCUGGGACUAUAACCCCAUCAUUAGUCCCCGAAUGGAUCGGGGUUGGAACGACGAGGCGAUGCUUGGGGUACGGAUCCGACUGGUAUGGAUGCAGCUUUGGCGUUGCUUGCCUCGAUCGAUUUUAUCCUCUUGACCAGUGAUCCGAGUGGAUCUGUCUGUGAAACGAACCGUUAGAGACCGAGUGCUUCCGCCGAAUCUUCGGACGUGACCGGUCAACUAACAGCGGCGGAUUUUCUGGGAUCCUCAAAUUUCGGUUGCCGCGCGCUCAGCGGGGAUGACGACAUCGUCAUCGAGUAGUUUCUGCCACGUCGAUUACCGCGCCUUCAUCUCCUCCACUAAUAUCGCAGCAACCGGUCGGGGGAUAAGAUUUUGGGGCCACCUGCUAGUGACCCAGUUGGUACCUUAUUUAAACCUCCCCAGUGAGGGUUUCUCAUUGCGCUCGCCUGAUAACUCGCACUCGCCCCGCUUCUCCCGUUGCUCCCUGUGCACUCCACGCCUCCUCCUUCCUCUCCUCCCCUGCGGAUCUGCAGCCUCCACCAUGACGAAGGGGCAGACGAGCAAGCUCGAGUCGUAGAAGAAGAAGAAGAAGGUGGCGGCUCCUGCUCAGCGGCGACAGCGUGCUCUGCCGGCGGGUUGGAUCCAGGGGGAUUUUCUCCCCUCCACGGUGACGAAGGAUGACCUGCUGGAGCUGGUGGAGCAAGGUUUGAUCAAAAACAAGUCGUGGAGGCUACCGGCGGAGGGCGAGACGGAGCCAGUGCCCCAGGAGGGGGAGCGCGUCUUGCUGCUCAGUCACGUGUACCGAGGCUUCUCUGUGCCUCCUCACCCCUUCUUCAGAGGUAUCAUGAACCACUUCGGGGCACAGCUCCACCAUUUUCCUCCCAACGCAAUAGCUCAUCUUUCUGCCUUCGUCGUGCUUUGCGAGUGCUUUAUCGGUUGUCCUCCCCAUUGGGGGCUCUUUAAGUACAUCUUCUCUGCUAGAUCCCAAACUGUCAAAAGACUUAGCCAGUCGGAUGAUAAAACCCAUCUCCUCCAGCUCUGCGGGGGCUUAGGCUUCCAAAAGAAAACGAAGAGUAGCUAUCCCGCUCUCCAGUUGUCCGAGUCUGUUAGGAACUGGCAGUCGACUUGGUUCUAUUGCCAGGACGUUGCUUGCCCGAAUGCCGCGACUGGACUGCCAGCUUUAAGCCUAGACCGACCGGCUCCGCCCAGGCAGCUUGCACUCACGAAGAUGGAGAAGAUCCAGAUUCAGCCUCUGGUCGAAGCACUGAUAGAUGUCAUCCGCAAGGGAGUCACCGACAUGGAUCUGCUGGAGAUUUUUCUGGGUCGGCGCAUCCAGCCUUUGCAAGCUCAACACCAUGCCAUGUGGCACUGCACGGGGCCUGCGGACUCCACUCGGACUCACCCCGAAUGCAUGACCGGGGAGGUCAUGACAUCGUGGGUCCGCAGCAUCACAGGCGCCUGUGAUAACCCCAGAGGAGCCCGACGAGUGAAGCCCUUCCGCGCUGACAACCCUCCUCCGAAUGAGGUGAGCAUAUGUUGCCGAGUGCUUACAAUUCCCUUAGAUUUGCCGCUUUUUUCUUGCAUCACUGUCUGACGUCUGAUGUUGUCAACUGUAUCUAGUGCAGGCGUGGACCAACUGGUAUUCUCCCGUCUCGAAUGGGAAUCCGGCUGAGGAAGAGGAAGGCAGCCAGGAGGGCAGCAUGGAGAGCGCCGAGUACGUCUCCCACAGUGGGGAGACGGAGGAGGAGUCCGAAGAGGAGGAGGGGGAAGAUGGGGAGCAGGGCUGGCCCCCCCCCCACCACUAGAGCCUCGAACCAAGCGUUGCCACGAACCCGUGACUGCGUCGGCUUCUCUAGCGGCCCUGAGUGCCCCGCCAGCGCCCGUGACUCCGUCGGCUCCUCCAGCGGCCCCGAGUGCCCCGCCAGCUCGUCCCGUGGUUCCGAGCGCCUUGGCAGAAACUCCCGUGGUUCCGAGUGCUCGGAGCACUAAGAGGAACAGGGACGCUGCUGCUGAGUCCGCGGGCCAACCUUCCAAGGUGGCCAAACCGAGUGGAUCCAAGCCUCGGAAGGCUUUGCCUCGGAUGAGGAUCGCCGUUCCUGUUGCCUCAGCGUAAGUGUCUUGUUCUCCUAUCUUCUUUCAGUAUUUGAUUGAACUCAUGUUUAUUGGUCCAGUGGAUUUUACUCGACAGAGCUGCUACCUCCGCCACUUCUCUGCCACGCCAGGAAGACUAUCCCAUGGAUACGGACAACGUUGCCACAUCCCAGCAAGGUACGUCGUGAUGACUCCGAGAGCUUAAAUUAUUGUUUCGAGAAUUCUGUCUUUGAUAUUGCCAUUUUUCUGUGGUCUCACGUUGUUCAGUCGGGCUCCCUUCAGAGGUGAUUCAUCUGGAGGAAGACGACCAGAAGGGGUCUGGGCAAGCUUUGGUGCAUGUCCUUGAGGUCGUUCCGUCUGCUACCGCUCCUGCCAUGGACGCGCCGCCAACCGAGACGAUGCCGUCGACUGAAACGGUGCUCAUCGCUGCUGAACCGACUAGAGCAGGACUUGGGAUGCCCAAGGAGUCUCCCGUGGUGCCGGGCCCGUCGACUAUCCAGUACGACGCCCAACAUCUCCCGGAGGAUCAAGUGGGAGCUGCCAAGGAGGCUAUGGUGCGGGUGGAGUUGAUGGCGGGUGAUGCGAAGGGGGCAUACGACUCCAUCACAUCUUUAUACAAGAGAAGCUUGGAGCUCCGUGACGAUAUCCGAGUAAGUGCGCUAGUAAGUAUUUGCUUUUCUCUUGUAACCCACUGGGGGUUAAGAAAUAUACUCGGAGAUAGUAGAAUUAUUUUGCAGUGGGUUCACUCUGAGUGAACCGAGUGGGUGUAGUCCCCGAGACUUCUGUCGAGUGCUUGCACCGGUAGUUGUCUUUAUAUACAUUGUCUUUGACUUGAUAUGAUGAAGACUAAGCUGUCCGAAUGGUGCCAGUGGGUGCACUCUCAGUGCACGUACUGGAAGUAGUCCCCGAGAGUAAGUUUACUCAGGUCGGGUAGUAGUAGCCUCAUAGGCUUGUUUUUUGUUAUGUAGCUGAAUAGGGUAGACCUGUUUGAGCGUCAUGCCAGUGGGGUCACUCUUAGUGAACCCACUAGGUGUAGUCCCCGAGACCGCUGUCGACUGCUUGCGUCGCCAGGGGUCUGAAGAACUUUGAGGUUUUAUUCUUUUUCCUUGUUGAAUUUGUCUGAUCUUCUCUUCACGCUUAUUUGUAGAAGACUUGCAAGAUGGGAUCAGCGUACAACGCUUUGAAGGUUGAAAAGACUCAGGCAGCUGUGCAUGACUUAGCUGGCGUGAUGGGUGCUCUUGCUGAAGGAGAGAAGUCCUUGGAGGAGUCCCGUGAGGCAAAUAAGGCAUUGGUGGCCGAAAUUGAGAGAAUGGGCAAACAAAGAACCGAGCUGAUGGGACAGAUGAAGGUGAUGAACAGUCGGUGCAUAUCACAGGAGAAGUACGUCAGUGACUGGGCAAGGAAGAUGAUUGCGCUUCUCGGUGGUAAGUUUUGUUUUUCCGAUUGCUCCUUGACUUUGUAUUUCGUGAUGCACUUACUCUCUGCUCGUCUUCUCUUUGCAGAUUUUUGUAUGGACGCUGAGGCUGAAGCAGCUGACAUUGAGCGGUCAGUUAUUCCGAACGUUCCACUCGGCAACGACGCCAAUCGAGACAUGCUCCGAGCGCACAUUCACCUUGGCAAAGUGGGACCGUUCAUCAGCCGCCUGAGAGAAGUCGUCGGCCGAAUCGACAAGGAGCUGUGGCCCGAAGACGAGUCCCGGUGGGAGAUAGAAGGGUUGAUGACUCGGCUGGAGGACGUCCCGAACCGAGUGCAGGCGUGGAAGAAGUCUGCUGCUCGCUGUGGGGUGGACGUGGCGCUGUCGCUGGUCUGAGUGCACUGCAAGGAAGCUCGCGAAGAGAAGCUGAAGGCGUUGCAGGUCGCCAACACCAAGAAGCUUCGAUUGGAAGAUUUCAUGGAGACCUUCCUUGAGACCGCUACUCGCAUCGCAGACGGGAUCGACCUCGACACUUUCGUGGAGCCUGCCAGUCCCAGUGUCAGUCCUGACGACACUUGAAAAACUUAACCUCGGUAUACCGAGUGGAUUUGUAUCAAACUUUGGCCACUGCAGUUGGCCGUCACAUUCGUGGUUCGGUGUGGAUAAGCUUGAUCUACACUGAACCGACUAUCGUUGAACCAACUUUGAAUUGGAAUCGAAUAUUCUGCUCUUCCUUCGCCAAAAAAAUCUUGACACAAUUUUGGCUCGUGAUUUCUGUUUGGCGUUUCUUGGUGAAGCCAGUGGCAAACAUGCGAAGCAUGUAGUUGUCAUUUGUCUUGACAUCUGCAUGAGCCUCAAUGAGGGUCUGCUAAGCCUCCGAGUGGAUCUGGAGGAUACACUCGAAGGAAUCUUUUUACUUAGGCGAUUCUGGAUCGCAGCUAGGUCUCCGAGUGCGGCGUCUCGUGCGCACUCGUAGCGAGUUGAUACUCAUGUAGUUGUCAGUUGUCUUGACAUCCACAUGAGUCUCAAUGAGGGUCUGCUAAGCCUCUGAGUGGAUCUCGAGGAUACACUCGAAGGAAGCUUUUUACUUAGGCGAUUCUGUAUCGCAGCUAAGUCUCCGAGUGCGGCAUCUCGUGCGCACUCGGAGGGAGUUGGUACUCAUGUAGUUGUCAGUUGUCUUGACAUCCACAUGAGCCUUGAUGAGGGUUUGCUAAACCUCCGAGUGGAUAUCGAGGAUACACUCGAAGGAAGCUUUUUUACUUAGGCGAUUCUGGAUUGCAGCUAAGUCCCCGAGUGCGGCAUCUCGUGCGCACUCCGAGCGAGUUGAUACUCGUGUAGUUGUCAGUUGUCUUAACAUCCACAUGAUCCUCGAUGAGGGUCUGCUAAGCCUUCGAGUGGAUCUCUAGGAUACACUCGAAGGAAUCUUUUUUACUUAGGCGAUUCUGGAUCGCAGCUAAGUCCCCGAGUGCGGCAUUUAGUGCACACUCGGAGAAAGUUAGUACCUAGGCGAUUCUGGAUCGCAGCUAAGUCUCCGAGUGUGACGUUUAGUGCACACUCGGAGAAAGUUUUUUUUAGAUCGGGGUCUGCCCACGCGAAAGAAUUUUGAAUCUGCAAAAAAUCAAUCUGCUUUGUAUUACUUCAGCGAUACUUGUUCUUUACAUUGCUUCAGUCGACGGUCACGUGUAGAAGCGCUUCAGGAGAUCUCCGUUCCAUGCUCGUGGCUCGUCCGUUUCCCUGUCGAGGUUGUAGAGUCGAUAUGCACCGUUGUUCAGCACCUUGGAGAUGAUGAAGGGUCCUUCCCACGCGAGAGCCAGCUUGUGAGGUCUCUGCUGAUCCACUCGGAGCACCAGGUCGCCUGCUUGGAAUGUACGACUCCUGACGUCCCGCGUGUGAAAACGCCGCAGAUCUUGUUGAUAAAUGGUUGAGCGAGUCAGUGCCAUCUCGCGCUCCUCUUCUAGAAGAUCCACUCCGUCUUGCCUCGCUUGCUCUGCUUCGGCUUCGGAGAAGAGUUUGACUCGUGGAGCGUUGUGAAGCAAGUCACUCGGAAGGACUGCCUCUGCUCCGUAAACGAGGAAGAACGGGAUCGCCCUGUAGAUCUAUUUGGGGUUGUGCGGAGACCCCACAACACUGAAGGCGGCUCGGUGACCCAUGCGUCGGCAGCAUGUCCCACUUCUCGCAAGAGUCGAGGCUUCAACCCUUGAAGAAUAAGUCCAUUCGCUCGCUCUACUUGCCCGUUUGUUUGGGGAUGCGCCACAGAUGCAAAAUCCACUCGGAUACCUUGGCUUGUACAGAAACCUUUGAAUCUGUCCGAGUCAAAGUUUGUGCCGUUAUCAGUGAUUAUGCUGUGCGGUACCCCGAAUCUGGAUAUGAUGUCCCUGACAACCUUGAUGGCCGUAAGGGCGUCGAGCUUCUUGAUGGGUUUGGCUUCAAUCCACUUGGUGAACUUGUCGACUACCACCAACAGAUGAGUGAAACCUCCUUGGCCUAUCCUAAAUGGACCGACUGUAUCUAAACCCCACACUGCAAACGGCCAAACAAGAGGGAUUGUCUUCAACGCAGAUGUUGGCUUGUGGGACUUGUUCGAGUAGAACUGACAGCUUUCACAUCGGUCGACCAUAUCCUUCGCCAUUUCGUUCGCGUGCAACCAGAAGAAGCCAGCCCUGAAUGCUUUGGCGACGAUUGCCCUUGAGGAGGCAUGAUGACCGCAGGUUCCUGAGUGAAUUUCUUCCAGGAUUAACUGUCCCUUCUCAGGGGAGAUGCAUCGUUGAAGGAUGCCAGAAACACUUUCUUUGUACAGCUGGCCAUCAAUGACGGUGAACGACUUCGACCUGCGGACGAUCUGUCUGGCUUGGAUUUCGUCUUCUGGUAAUUCUUGCCUCAGGAUGUACGCAAUGAACGGCACAGUCCAAUCGGGGAUGAUAGCAAGAAUCUCCAUGAUCAAAUCAACCACAGCAGGGACUUCGACUUCAGUCAGAUCUAUCGAGCUCUUUGGUUGUACUGGUUCCUCUGUGAAAGGAUCUUCUUUAACCGAGGGAAGGUGACGGUGCUCGAGGCAGACGUCACUCGGGACUGGCUCCGAGUGGAUCCAAGUUUCGCCAAUUCGUCAGCUGCUUGGUUUUUCAGUCACGGAACAUGGUGGAGUUCUAGACCUUCAAACUUUUUCUCGAGCUUCCUCACCGCGUUGCAGUAUGUGGUCAUGGUGGGUUUCCUUACGUCCCACUCCUUCAUCACUUGAUUAACCACCAAAUCUGAAUCGCCAUAGACCAUGAGGCGACGGACGCCGAGUGCGAUGGCCAUGCGCAAUCCAUAAAGGAGAGGUUCAUAUUCUGUCUCGUUGUUGGAGGAAUCGAAGUGUAUUUGCAACACAUACUUGAGUUUGUCUCCUUUUGGCGAUAUGAUCACAACGCCAGCGCCGGAGCCGUUUAACAUCUUGGACCCAUCGAAGAACAUUGUCCAAUGAGCCGAGUAGAUGUGAGUCGGUUGUUGUUGUUCUACCCAUUCUGCUAUGAAGUCAGCCAAAGCUUGAGACUUUAUAGCUUUCUUGGCAUCAACUUGAUGUCGCAGUACAACAUCUCCAUUGCCCAAUUCACCACUCGGCCCGAUGCGUCCCGAUUGUGGAGGAUUUCCGACAAUGGAGCAUCAGAAAUGACGGACACCGAGUGGUCUUGGAAAUAAUGAGCCACCUUCUUCGCAGUCAUGUAAAUCCCGUAAAUGAGUUUUUGAUGAUGGGGAUACCUCUGCUUGGAAGGAGUCAGGACUUCGGAGACAUGGUACAUUGGCCGUUGAACCAUGUAUGCUUUGCCUUCUUCUUCGCGUUCGACUGGGAGAACAGUGCUGACGACUUGAUUUGUAGCCGCGAUGUACAGAAGAAGGGGUUCUUUACUGAGCGGAGCAGUAAGAACCGGGUGGGUGGAAAGUAGGACUUUGAGGUCGUCGAAUGCGAUAUGAGCUUCCUCUGUCCACUCGAAAGUAUCUGAUUUCUUCAUGAGUCGGUACAAAGGUAGCGCCUUCUCGCCGAGUCGACUGAUAAACCUUCUCAAAGCCGCUAGGCAACCUGUGAGCCUUUGAACAUCGUGUAUUCUGACCGGCCGCUCCAUUCGGACGAUGGUCCCGAUCUUUUCGGGGUUGACAUCGAUCCCUCGUUCGAAAACGAAGAAACCGAGUAACUUUCCGCUAGGAACACCGAAUGAACACUUGGCCGGGUUGAGCUUGAUAUCGUACCUACGAAGGGUGGCGAAUGUUUCUGCCAAGUCAGUCAGCAGGUCGGAACCUUUGCGUGACUUGACUACGAUAUCAUCCAUAUACGCUUCCACAUUUCGACCGAUCUGGUCAAGGAGGCAUUUUUGGAUCAUGCGCAUAAAGGUUGCUCCUGCAUUCUUCAAACCGAAUGGCAUAGUGAUGUAGCAAAAGCACCCGAAUGGGGUGAUGAAGGCUGUUUUUAAUUCAUCGGGGCCAUACAGACGGAUCUGAUGAUAGCCCGAGUAGGCAUCUAGAAAUGACAAACGCUCGCUACCCGCAGUCGAAUCGACAAUUUGAUCGAUGCGGGGGAGCGGGAAAUGGUCUUUCGGGCAGACCUUAUUGAGAUGCUUGAAGUCGAUGCACAUUCGGAGAGACUUGUCCUUCUUGGGUACCAUGACAACAUGGGCGAGCCACUCGGAGUGGUGUACCUCGCGAGUGAAGUUGGCUGCCAAAAUCUUAGCCACCUCCUCUCCGAUGGCCUUCCUCAUAUGCGCGGCGGACCGACGCAGGCGUUCUCGGACAGGCUGAGCAGCAGGAUCCACGUGCAGUCGGUGCUCAGCCAACUCCCUGGGUACACCUGGCAUGUCAGCGGGCUUCCAUGCGAAAAUGUCUGAGUUCUCACGGAGGAAUUGGAUGAGCUCGACUUCCUAUUUUGGAUCGAGGGUGGUGGAGAUGUUCCUCGGGGCAGCGGCUUCGUCCGUCGGGUGAAUGCUGACCUUCUUCGUUUCUCCCGCCGACUGGAAUGCGGAAUCCGAAGCUGGCUUCUUCGAACGCAUCAAGUCAGCGGGGUCGAUUAACUUCUUGUAGUCGUCAAGCUCGAGGACAGCCAUCUGCUGAUUGGCGAUCCUCGAUCCCUGCUGGAGACACUCCUCGGCCCGCUACCGAUUGCCUGUGAUAGUGAUCACGCCUUUUGGGCCUGGCAUCUUCAGCUUUAGGUACACGUAACAUGGACGGGCCGUGAAACGCGCAUACGCCGGGCGGCCCAGAAUCGCGUGGUAUGCACUCUGGAAGUCCACCACCUCGAAUGUCAGCUUUUCCUUGCGGAAGUUCUUGUCGGAGCCGAAGACGACGUCCAACGCAAUCUCACCGAGUGACUUGGCCGUUCGUCCAGGGACGACUCCAUGGAACUGCAUGCUGCUCUCACUAAGUUUGGACAUCGGAAUGCCCAUCCCCUUGAGAGUGUCGGCGUACAUGAUGUUCAAGCCGCUGCCGCCGUCCAUGAGGACUUUGCGCAGUCGGACUCCUUCCACCACCGGGUCGAUGACCAGCGCCUACCUCCCUGGGGUGGGUACGGGCGCUGGAUGAUCCGACUGGUCAAAGGUGAUCGCAGUCUGAGACCAUUGGAGGAACGUGGGGUUGGUUGGGUGGCCAUGUUCACCUCCCUGUUCACCAGCUUCAGUCGACUCUUGCUUUCCACGUCAGCAAAAAUCAUCAGUGUUGCAUGGACUUGGGGGAACGGAUCCUCCUUGUCCUCCUCAUCUUGCUCAUUGUCCUUUUCACUCGGUUGCCCUUCCCCGAUCCCCUGGAUCAGGAGGCGACAUUGCCGAGUGGUAUGCUUCGGAAAUAUGGCGUUGCCUUCUUCAUCCAUCUUCAUGUGGAUUGGACAUGGCUGGUCCAGGAUGUGGUUUCCGAACUGCUUCUUCUUGGGGGUGAACUGAGCCUUCCCCUUGCCCUUGAACUUGGCAUUGGUAACGGCUGCGGCCUCUGCCUACGGAGUGGACGGAGCUUUCUGCUUCUGCUUCCGAGUGUUGUUCCCAUCUCCAUCGGCGACUGCCUUGUGCUUGCUGCUGCGAAUGCGGUCCUCUUCUUCGCCAUUAGCACAGCGUGCCGCUAUCUCCAUCAUCUUGCUCAUGGAGAUGUCGCCUGUCCGACCGAACUUCAGGUACAGAUCUCCGUACCGCACGCCUGCCUUGAAGGCGCAGACUGCUUGGUGCUCUGUGACGUUCUCCACCGUGUGGUAGAGGGUUGUCCAACGCUGGAUGAAAUCGCGCAGGGGCUCAUUCUGCUUCUCGACACAGUGCUGGAGCUCCACAAGAUCAGCAGGGCGUUUGCACGUCCCCUCGAAGGUCCUGAAGAAGACUCGGGCCAGAUCUGCCCAACUAUAGAUGCUUGAAGGAGCCAGCUGGUUCAGCCACGCUCGUGCCGAGCCAUCGAGCAUCAGGGGGAGAUGUUUCAUGGCGACAUGGUCGUCUCCACCUCCGAUCUGGACUGCCACUCGGUAGUCGUCCGGCCACGUUUCUGGCUUGGAUUCUCCUAUAAACUUGCUGGUCCCCGUCGCCAAUCGGAAGUUGGGAGGGAUGUCAGCUGAACGGAUGGCCCAACUGAAACACUCGGGGCCAGAGAAGAUGGUCCUGCUUCCACUCGGAUGGUCUCCAUCGUGACCAUCACGGUGGGCUCGGCCCCUGUCGACCCUCCUCUGGGCGAUGUAUCCUCUUGCGUCGGGCCUUGGAUCAUAAGUGUGACCGACCGAACGCCGAUCAUCAAGAUGUCGGGGCCCGUAGGGCCCACCCCAUGGAGGGGUGCGUGAACGGCGACGAUCUUCGGGACUCAUGGAACAGCUGCCUCCCCUGUGUCGUUGAUGAGAACCGGGGCUGAAUACUGACCGAUGCAUGUUCGCGUGAACAGAACUGUUGUGGAUUCUGUUGUGCGACUGGGAGACCGCCGAAUUCUGCUGCUGCGCCGUGUGCAACAGGGCACGAAUCUGCUCGAUCCCUCUGCGAGCCUCUGAAUCAGUCGGCUGGAGGGAGUCGGCUAUCUUGGAGGCGGCGUCCAGGUUGAGGACGGGUGUGCGGAACACCUCCACGUUGCUUUGACGAGUGCGCCGACUGGCAGAACGGCGGGGCUGACGGCGAGCGCCAGAUAUUUCGCCGACCUCGUGCUCGUUCCGGCCGGUUUGGCGGGGACUUUCAUGGGAGUUGGCCAUGUGCACUUCGGCUGCAGGCCCGCGAUCCAAGUACUCGGAAUGCAACUAAGUCAGAACUGAGUCCGAGCGCUGGGACGGCGGCGCAACUACAACCGAUUUGAGGACCGCCACGUGUGUAGACGCGUUCUGGCGCGCCUGGGCGUGUUGCACCCAACGCUGGAGCCGCGGACGGCGAGACCGCUUGUUGCGGUGCGUGACGGGGGCGAAGAUCGACACCCGAGCCGACUGCGGGAGAAGAAGGAUGCCGUGGGCGCCGGCACAGAAGUGCGUAGCCCCGCGACUGGGGAGCGCCUCGACGUCGAGAGGUGCAUCCCGAAGCCAUGCCGAAUCGUCGACAAUGAAGGAGAGUGCGCCGAAGAGGAUCUCACAACCCAUGCACGAAUCUCCACCGGACGACAUGCCGAAAGGAUGUAGUCGCAAACUCACCGGAAGUCGCAUAGACGCCUGCCCCACGGUGGGCGCCAACUGUCGUGGGUAUAAGUCUGACAGUAGAUGUAUAGGGUACGAAAGGAUGGGCGGAGUCUUAGCUAUGGCGAGGUUGUAUGAGUUCAGGCCCCUCUACGGUGGAGGUAAAAGCCCUACGUCUCAGUGCUCUUGGGAGCUUGAUGUCGAGUGGAAUAUGGAUUACAGUGAAUUGCCAACCCCUGCACCAGUACGGAAGGGCGGCUUAUAUAGAGUGUGCUGCCCUCCAUAACGGUUCGAUGCACAGGGGUGGAGUAGUGGCGAAUAAAUGCCUACGUUACAGGUAACGUAUGCCCUAAAUGCUAAUAAAGGUACAUGAAAAUGUAUGACCAUUCUCCUCCAGGGGGGUUACGAUAUACAGAGUGGAAUCCAGUCGGUAAGCUUGAUACCCUCCGAAUGCACGUCUCCGACUGGAUGAUGGAGGGAUCGUCACCGACCGGAUGAUGGGAAGUCCUUAAUUCAGUCGAAACUAACUAAGGGCCUUGUCCCUUAUGAAGGGUAGUCCUGGGGUAGGACCUAUAGGGCAGGCCUAUGACCCUACACUGGGACUAUAACCCCAUCAGACGUGAUGCCUAUAUGUAUGAUCAUUGCCUUAGAUAUCGUCAUUACUUUGCGCGGUUCUAUCAAUUGCUCGACAGUAAUUCGUUCACCCACUGUAAUAUUUGCUAUCAUGAGAGAAGCCUCUAGUGAACACUAUGGCCCCCGGGUCUACAUCACAUCAUAUUUUCAGCCUUACACUUUUACUUUGUUGCACUUUACGCCUUCAGUUCUCACCUUGCAAUCAAUCGUGAAGGGAUUGACAACCCCUUUGUAGCGUUGGGUGCAAGUUUGCUGUUUUUGCGCAGGUACUUUGGAGACUUGCCUUGAUACUCCUACUUGAUUGAUACCUCGGUUCUCAAACUGAGGGAAAUACUUACCGCUACUGUGCUGCAUCACCCUUUCCUCUUCAAGGGAAAAACCAACGCAAGCUCAAGAGGUAGCAAGAAGAAUUUCUGGCGCCGUUGCCAGGGAGGAUCAACUCAAGAAUAGUCUCCCGUCAACGUGCCAAUUUCUGGCGCCGUUGCCGGGGAGUAUCAAGUCAAGAAUAGUCUUCCUCCAACGUGUCAAUUUCUGGCACCGGGGACUAUUCUAAGUGAAGCUUAUCCAAGUAACUGUCACAAACUCAUCUCUUGCAUUUACCUUUUUUUUCCUUUUGCCUCUCGUUUUCCUCUCCCCCACUUCUGAAAAACAAAAAUUACAAAAAUAUUUGCCUUUUUCGUUUGCCUUUCCUUUGCUUGUGUGCAAUGUGCCUUCAAUAUGCUUGCAUCUUCGCUUGCUGAAAAUCUAUUGAUAUGGAUCUUCAUUCACUUGCUAAUCUCUUUAAGAGAUCCAAUUAUGUUGAACCAUUUGCUAGUGAAUUGAGUGCACUUGACUUUCUCUAUGGAGUUUUCUUGAGAUGUGUGAAUUUGAAAACCGUGAUGAAGAAAUUUGUGAAGUGAUUCAUGAGGGCUCCUUUAAUGAAAAGCAUGAUUGCAAUGGUUUCAUUAUAAAUUCUAUUCAUGACAAUCAUGCUAAAAAUAUGCAAAACCCUAAAGUUGGGGAUUCUAGUUUUGCUUUGUCCACUACUUGUUGCAAUGAUCAAGAUUGGGGUAAUGAUUUUUCUUAUGAUCUUAAAAAAUUUGUUUAAGCCUCAUGAUGAAUAUGAUAUUUGCAAUAAUAUUGAAGGUGGGUUUGGAGAAGUCAUGACUUUAGUUGAUGAUAAUCCCACUAUUUUUGAUGAGCGUCAACUUUGCAUGUAUGUGGAUCAUGAAAAGAAUAUCCUAUGUGAUAGCUAUAUUGUUGAAUUUGAAUAUGAUCCCACAUGUAAUUAUUGUGAGAGAGGAAAAUAUGGUGGUAGAAAUUUUCAUACCACUAAAUCACCUCUUGUUUUGUUGAGAUUGAUAUUGUCUCUUUCUUCUUCCUUGCAUAUGGUAACUAUUGGUUGUCUUGACAAUUUAUUUUCCUAUAAAAUGCCUAUGCAUAGGAAGUAUGUUAGACUUAGAUGUUAUUUUCACAUGCUUUAUGAUGCUCUCGUUGUGCUUCAAUUCUUGUGUUUUGUGUGAGCAUCAUUGAAUUAUCAAUGCCUAGCUAAGGGCGUUAAACAAUAGCGCUUGUUGGGAGGCAACCCAAUGUAUUUAUCUUUGCUUUUUUUCNNNNNNNNNNNNNNNNNNNNUUUUUUUUUGUGUCCACACCGUCAUAAUUUUGUUAUGAUUGUGUUUUUUUUGUUUCUUUUUGUGUUUGAGCCAAGUAAAACCUUUAUGACUGGUUUUGGUGAUGUUGUUUGAUCUUGCUGGAAAAGAGAGAAACUUUGCGCUCACGAAAUUAUUUUUAAUUCCUAUCCAGAAAGAGCUUUUGAGUUGAUUCAUUUUUCUGCUGGUUGAUAUGCCAAUUUCCCUAAUUGUCAUAAUUUUACAGAAGUUUUGAGAUAACAUAAGUAUAUGAAGUAUACAGAUUGCUACAGAUUGGUCUGUUUUUGACAAAUUAUGUUUGUGUUGUGUUGAUUGCUUAUUUUGAUGAAACUAUGGAUAGUAUCGGGGGGUACUAGCUAUGGAAAAGUGAGAAUACAGUAAUCUAACACCAAUAUAAAUAGAAAUCAGGUUUGCUAGAGUACCUAAAGAUUUGGUAGUUUGUUUUCUUGUGCUAAUGAUAUCACGAGUUUAUGUUUAAGUUUUGUGUUGUGAAGUUUUCAAGUUUUGGGUGAUGUUCUCGUGGACAAUGGGAUAAAGAGUGGAAAGAGCUCAAGCUUGGGGAUGCCCAAGGCAUCCCAAGCCAAAUUCAAGGACACCAAAAAGCCUAAGCUUGGGGAUGCCCCGGGAAGGCAUUCCCUCUUUCGUCUUCAAUACAUCGGUAACGUUACUUGGAGCUAUAUUUUUAUUCACCACAUGAUAUGUGUUUUGCUUGGAGCAUCGUGUAUUAUAGGAUUCUUUUCUUUUUGUUGUGUGACAAUCAUCCUUGCUCCACACCUUUCGAGAGAGACAUGCACUCAUCGUAAUUUUGCUAGAAUACUCUUUGAGCUUCGCUUAUAUCUUUUGAGUUAGGCAAUUUACCUCGCAUGUGCUUUACUUAUAUCUUUUUGAGCUAGAUAAAUUUGCUCUAGUGCUUCACUUAGAUCUUUUUAGAGCACAGCGGUGUCAUAUUUUGGAGAAAUAAGAACUCUCGAUCUUCACUUAUAUCUUUUUGAGAGUGCUCUCUUUGAGUAACUUGGUAGUUAGCUUGUGCUAUGAAAGUAGUCCUAAAGAUGGUAGGCAUCCAAAGAGGAUGUAAUAAAAACUUGCAUAUUCUUGUGCAUUGAUUAGUGAAGAGAAGUUUGAUUCAUCUCAAUUAGUUUUGAGACAUGGAUAUGGUAAUAUUAAAGUUGUGUUAGUAGGGUGUUGUGAAUCUAGAAAUACUUGUGUUGCAGUUAGUGAUUCCCGUAGCAUGCACGUAUGGUGAACCGCUAUGUUAGAAAGUCGGAGCAUAAUUGAUUUAUUGAUUGUCAUCCUUUGUGUUGCGGUUGGGAUCGCACGAUGGUUAAACACCUACCAACCCUUCCCCUAGGAUUAUGCAUUUAGCACUUUGUUUCGAUUACUAAUAAAAACUUUCGCAAUAAGUAUAUGAGUUCUACAUGACUAAUGUGAGUCCAUGGUAUAGAUGCACUUUCACGUUCCACCAUUGCUAGCCUCUAUAGUGCCGUGCAAUUUUCGCCGGUGCACAAACCCACCAUAUACCCUCCUCAAAACAGCCACCAUACCUACCUAUUAUGGCAUUUUCAUAGCCAUUCCGAGAUAUAUUGCCAUGCAACUCCCACCGUUCCGUCUCAUGACAUGUGUCGUCACUUUCAUAUUGCCAUUGCAUGAUCGUAAGAUAGCUAGCGAGAUGUUUCAACGUCAUACACUAAGCUAGAUCGUUGCACAUCCCAGUACACUUCCGGAGGCAUUUCCUAUAGAGUCAUCAUUGUUCUAGGUAUUGAGUUGUGAGUAAAUAAAAGUGUGAUGAUCGUCAUUAUUAGAGAAUUGUCCCAUGUGACGAAAUAAAAAAAAGAGGCCAAAGAUGCCCACAAAAAAAAUGAGAAAAAAAGAGGCCAAAGUGCCCAAACAAAAAAAAUGAGAGAAAAAAGAGAGAAGGGACAAUGCUACUAUCUUUUUCAACACUUGUGCUUCCAAAUAGCACCAUGUUCUUCAUGAUAGAGAGUCUCUUGGUUUGACACUUCCAUAUACUAGUGGGAAUUUUCGUUAUAUAACUUGGCUUGUAUAUUCCAAUGAUGGGCUUCCUCAAAAUUGCCCUAGGUCUUCAUGAGCAAGCAAGUUGGAUGCACACCCACUAGUUCUUCUUUUGAGCUUUCACAUACUUAUAGGUCUCGUGCAUCCGUUGCAUGGUAAUCCCUACUCAUUCACAUUGAUAUCUAUUGAUGGGCAUCUCCAUAGCCCUUUGAUACGCCGAGUUGAUGUGACCAUCUCUUCCUUUUUGCCUCACAACCUCCACUACACUCUAUUCCACCUAUAGUGCUAUAUCCAUGGCUCAUGCUAAUGUAUUGCGUGAGAGUAGAAAAAGUUUGAGAAAGUAAGAGUGCGAAAACAAUUACUUGGCCAAUUCCGGGGUUGUGCAUGAUUUAAAUUCAUUAUGUGGGGAUGAUGGAGCAUAGCCAGACUAUAUGAUUUUGUAGGGAUAACUUUCUUUAGCCUUGUUAUUUCGAAAGUUCAUGAUUACCUUGCUAGUUUGCUUGAAGUAUUAUUGUUUUCAUGUCAAUAGAAAACUAUUGUUUUGAAUCUCAUGGAUCUGAACAUUCAUGUCACAUGAAAGAAGUUACAAAGGACAAGUAUGUUAGGUAGCAUUCCACAUCAAAAAUUCGGUCUUUAUCACUUCCCUACUCGAGGACGAGCAGGAGUUAAGCUUGGGGAUGCUUGAUAUGUCUCCAACGUAUCAAUAUUUUUUUAUGGUUCCAUGCUAUUAUCUUGUCAACAUUGGAUGUUUUGUAUGCAUGAAUAUGCUAUUUUAUAUCUUCUUGGGACUAACCUAUUAACUCAGUGCCAAGUGCCAGUUCCUGUUUUUUCCGUGUUUUUGACCUUUUUGAGAGGAGACUAUUAAACGGAGUCCAAACGGAAUAAAACCUGCGGAAUGAUUUUUUCCAUAACAGAAGACACGCAGGAGACUUGAGAACCAGGGAAGGGGACCUCGGAGGAGGUCACAAGCCACCUAGGACCGACCUAGGGGGAGGGCGGGCCUAGCAGGCUUGUGGGCCCCCUGUGGUUCCCCUGCCCUAGUUCUUCCGCCUAUAAAUUCCAUAAAAAUCUGAAAACACGAAAGAGAGCCACGAAAAUACUUUUCCACCGCCGCAAGCUUCUCUCUCCGCAAGAUCCCAUCUGGGGAACGUUCUGGUGCCCUGCCGGAGGGGGAUUCGCACACUGAGGGCUUCUUCAUGAAAACCAUUGCCUCUCCGAUGAUGCGUGAGUAGUUCACCAUAGACCUUCCGGUCCUUAGCUAGUAGCUAGAUGGCUUCUUCUCUCUCUUGGAUCUUCAAUACAAAGUUCUCCAUGAUCUUCAUGGAGUUCUAUCCGAUGUAAUCUUCUUUUGCGGUGUGUUUGUCGAGAUCCGAUGAAUUGUGGAUUUAUGAUCAGAUUAUCUAUGAAUGUUAUUUGAGUCUCUGCUGCGGCAACAGACAAGAGUGCCAGAGAUUGACACGUCGAAGGAGGCUGGGCUUGCGUUGGUUUUUCCCUUGAAGAGGAAAGGGUGGUGCAGCACAGGAGCAGUAAGUAUUUCCCUCAGUUUGAGAACCAAGGUAUCAAUCCAGUAUGAGAAUCUCGUCAAGUCCAGAGUACCUGCGCAAACACAAACGAGCUUGCACCCAACGCUAUAAAGGGGUUGUCCAUCCCUUCAAGAUUGAUUGCAAAGUGAGAUCUGAAGGCGGAAAGUGCAACGAAGUAAAAGAGUAAGGCUAAAAAUAUGGUGUGGAGUAGACCCGGGGGCCAUAGUGUUCACUAGAGGCUUCUCUCAAAAUAGCAAAUAUUAUGGUGGAUGAACAAAUUACUGUCGAGCAAUUGAUAGAACUGCGCAAAGUCAUGACGAUAUCUAAGGCAAUGAUCCUACAUAUAGGCAUCACGUCCGAGACAAGUAGACCGAUACUUUCUGCAUCUACUACUAUUACUCCACACAUCGACCGCUAUCCAGCAUGAAUCUUGUGUAUUGAGUUCAGGACGAACAGAGUAACGCCUUAAGCAAGAUGACCUGAUGUAGAGGGAUAAACUCAAACCAAUGAUGAAACCCCAUCUUUUUACCCUUGAUGGCAACAACACGAUGCGUAACUCGCUACCCCUUCUGUCACUGGGUGAGGUCACCGCACGGUAUGAACCCAAAACCAAGCACAUCUCCCAUUGCAAGAAUCAUAGAUCUAGUUGGCCAAACAAAACCCACAACUCGAAGAGAAUUACAAGGAUAUGAAAUCAUGCAUAUAAGAGAUCAGAAGAAACUCAAAUAAGAUUCAUAGAUAAUAUGAUCAUAAAUCCACAAUUCAUCGAAUCUCGACAAACACACCGCAAAAGAAUAUUACAUUGGAUAGAUCUCCAUGAAGAUCAUGGAGAACUUUGUAUUGAAUAUCUAAGAGAGAGAAGAAGCCAUCUAGCUACUAGCUAUGGACCCGUAGGUCUAUGGUGAACUACUCCUGCAUCAUUAGAGAGGUCAUGGUGUUGAUGAAGAAGCCCUCCGUAUCCGAAUCCCCCCUCCGGCAGGGCACCAGAACGUGCCCCAAAUGGGAUCUUGCGGAGAAAGAAGCUUGCGGCGGCGGAAAAGUACUUUCGGUGAUCUCUUGAUUUUUUUCUGGAAUUUAUGGGAAUAUAUAGGCGAAAGACCUAGUGCAGGGGAGGCCCAGGGAGCCCACAAGCCUCGGAGGCGCGGCCCCCCUGGUCGCGGCUAGGCGGCUUAUGGGGUCCCUGGAGAUCCCCUGCCUUGGUUCUCAAGCUUCCGGAUCUUCUUCUGUUUCGGAAAAAAUCUUUUUGGAAGUUUCGUUCCAUUUGGACUCCGUUUAAAAUCGUCCUCUGAAAAGGGUCAAAAACAUGGACAAAACAGGAACUAGCACUUGGCACUGAGUUAAUAAGUUAGUCCCAAAAAAGAUACAAAAGGCAUACAAAACAUCCAAAUUUUGACAAGAUAAUAGCAUGAAACCAUCAAAAAUUAUAGAUACGUUGGAGAUGUAUCAAGCAUCCCCAAGCUUAACUCCUGCUCGUCCUCGAGUAGGGAAGUGAUAAAGACUGAAUUUUUGAUGUGGAAUGCUACCUAGCAUAGUUGUCCUUUGCAACUUCUUUCAUGUGACAUGAAUGUUCAGAUCCGUAAGAUUCAAAACAAUAGUUUGCUAUUGACAUGAAAACAAUAAUACUUCAAGCAAACUAUCAAGGUAACCAUGAACUUUCAAAAUAACAAGGCCAAAGAAAGUCACCCUACAAAAUCAUAUAGUCUGGCUAUGCUCCAUAAUCCUCACACAACUAAUGUAAAUCAUGCACAACCCCGGUAUUGGCCAAGUAAUUGUUUUCGCACUCUUUACUUUCUCAAACUUUUUAUAACUAUCACGCAAUACAUCAGCGUGAGCCAUGGAUAUUGUACUAUAGGUGGAAUAGAGUGUGGUGGUGGUUGUGAGAGAAAAAGGAGGAGAUGGUCACAUUGACUCGGCGUAUCAAAGGGCUAUGGAGAUGCCCAUUAAUAGAUAUCAAUGUGAAUGAGUAGGGAUUUCCAUACAAAGGAUGCACUAGAGCAAUAAGUAUGUGAAAGCUCAAAAGGAGAACUAGUGGGUGUGCAUCCAACUUGCUUGCUCUCGAAGACGUAGGGCAAUUUUGAGGAAGCCCAUCAUUGGAAUAUAUAAGCCAAGUUAUAUAAUAAAGAUUCCCACUAGUAUAUGGUGGUGACGAAGCGAGAGGCUUUUAAUCAUGAAGAACAUGGUGCUAUUAUGAAGCACAAGUGUGGAAAAAGAUAGUAGCAUUGUCCCUUCUCUCUUUUUCUCUCUUUUUUUAAUUUUAAUUUGGGCACUUGGGACUCUUUUUCUCCCCUUUUUUUAUUUGGGAUCUUUGGCCUUUUUUUUAUUUCCUAACAUGGGGCAAUGCUCUAAUAAUGAUGAUCAUCACACUUUUAUUUACUCACAGCUCAAAGCUCAGAACGAUGAUGACUCUAAAGUAAAUGCCUUCGGCAGUGUACCGGGAUGUGCAACGAUCUAGCUUGGCGUAUGACGUUUAAACAUCUCGCUAGCUAUAUUAUGAUCAUGAAAUGGCAAUAUGAGAGUGACGGCACAAGUCAUGAGACGGAACGGUGGGAGUUGCAUGGCAAUAUAUCUUGGAAUGGCUAUGAAAAUGCCAUAGUAGGUAGGUAUGGUGGCUGUUUGAGGAAGGCAUAUGGUGGGUUUGUGUACCGGCAAAAAAUGCGCGACACUAGAGAGGCUAGCAAUGGUGGAUGGUGAAAGUGCAUCUAUACCAUGGACUCACAUUAGUCAUGAAGAACUCACAUACUUGUUGCGAAAGUUUUUAUUAUUAAUCGAAACAAAGUGCUAAACGCAUACUCCUAGGGGAAGGGUUGGUAGGUGUUAACCAUCGCGCGAUCCCGACCUCAACACAAAGGAUGACAAUCAAUAGAUCAAUUAUGCUCCGACUUCCUAACAUAGCGGUUCACCAUACGUGCAUGCUAUGGGAAUCACUAACUUCAACACAAGUAUUUCUAGAUUCACAACACCCUACUAACAUAACUCUUAAUAUUACCAAAUCCACGUCUCAAAACUAAUUGAGAGGAAUCAAGAAUUCUGUUUCUACUCAAUGCACAUGAAGAUGUAGAUUUUUGUAUCCCCUUUGGGUACCUAUCACCUUUGGGACUACUUUCAUAGCAUAAGCCAAUUACCAAGUCACGCGCCGACGUGCUCUAAAAUAUCUAAGUGAAGCACACAGAGAAAAAUUAUCUAGCUCAAAAGAUAUAAGUGAAGCACGAUGAGCAUUCUAGCAAAAUCAUGAUGAGUGCAUGUCUCUCUCUAUCAAAAAGGUGUCCAGCAAGGAUCAUUGUGACACAACAAAAAGAAAACACUCCUACGAUACAAGAUGCUCCAAGCAAAACACAUAUCAUGUGGUGAAUAAAAAUAUAGCUGCAAGUAAUGUUACCGAUGGAUUGAAGACGAAAGAGGGGAUGCCUUCCCGGGGCAUCCCCAAGCUUAGGCUUUUUGGUAUCCUUGAAUUUGGCUUGGGAUGCCUUGGGCAUCCCCAAGCUUGAGCUCUUUCCACUCCUUAUCUCUUUGUCCAUGUGAACAUCACCCAAAACUUGAAAACUUCACAACACAAAACUUAAACAGAAACUCAUGAUAUCAUUAGCACAAGAAAACAAACUACCACCCCUUUAGGUACUGUAGCAAUCUUGAUUUCUAUUUAUAUUGGUUUUGGGGUACUUUAUUCUCACUUUUCCAUGGCUAGUACCCCCAAUACUAUCCAUAGUUUCAUCAAAACAAGCAACCAACUCAACAAAAACAGAAUCUGUCAAAAACAGACCAGUCUGUAGCAAUCUGUAUACUUCGUAUACUUCUGGUACCUCCAAAAUUCUGAAAACUUACGACUGCCUGGGAAAAAGGAAUAUCAACCAGCAGAAAAAAGAAUCAACUCAUAAUCUUUUUCUGAAUAAAAAUGAAAAAUCAUCUCGUGAGCGAAAAGUUUCUAUCUUUUUUCCAGCAGGAUCAAACAACCAUCACCGAGACUAGUCAUAAAGGUUUUGCUUGGAUCAAACACAAAAAUAAACACAAAAGACACAAUCAUAACAGAUAUAUGAUGGUGUGGACGCAACAAAACAGAAAGAAAAAGAUAAAUUCAUUGGGUUGCCUCCCAACAAGCGCUAUUGUUUAACGCCCUUAGCUAGGCAUAAGGAUAAAUCACAUCUAAGUCUAACAUACUUCCUAUGCAUAGGAAUUUUAUAGGAGAAAAAAUUGGCAAGACAACAAAUAGUUACCAAAUGCAAGGAAGAAGAAAGAGACAAUAGCAAUCUCAACAAAACGACAGGUAAUUUGGUAACAUGAAAGUUUCUACCACAAUAUUUUACUCUCUCAUAGCAAUUACAUGCGGGAUCAUAUUCGAAUUCAACAAUGUAACUAUCACAUAGGAUAUUCUUUUCAUGAUCCACAUGCAUGCAAAGUUGACGCUCUUCAAAAAUAGUGAGAUUAUCAUCAACUAAAGGCAUGACUUCUCCAAACCCACUUUCAAUAAUAUUGCAAAUAUCAUAUUCAUCAUGAGGCCUAAACAAAUUUUCAAGAUCAUAAGAAAAAUCAUCUCCCCACUCAUGAUCAUUGCAACAAGUAGUGGACAUAGCAAAACUAGCAUCCCCAAGCUUAGGGUUUUGCAUAUUUUUAGCAUGAUUGUCACUAAUAGAAUUUAUAGUGAAACCAUUGCAAUCAUGCUUUUCAUCCAAGGAGCCCUCGUGAAUCACUUCAUAAAUUUCUUCCUCACAAUUUUCAGAUUCACGCAUCUCAAGCAAAACUCCAUAAAGAUAGUCAAGUGCACUCAACUCACUAGCAAUUGGAUCAACAUAAUUGGAUCUCUUAAAGAGAUUACCAAGUGGAUGAGGAUCCAUAUAUCUAGAUUUUCUGCAAGCGAAGAUGCAAGCAUAUGGAAGGCACAUGGCACACAAGCGAACAGAAAGCAAGCGAGAGAGAAGGGCGAACGAAAAAGGCAAACAAAAAAGGAAAAUAUUUUUGUAAUUAUUUUGUUUUUGCAGAAGUGGGGGAGAGCAAAACGAGAGGCAAUAAAGUAAAUGCAGGAUAUGAGUUUGUGACACUUACUUGGAUGAGUUCUUGACUUGAUCCUCUCCGGCAACAGCGCCAGAAAUUCUUCUGCUGCGGCAACAGACAACAGUGCCAGAGAUUGACACGUUGACGGAGGUUGGGCUUGCGUUGGUUUUUCCCUUGAAGAGAAAAGGUGGUGCAGCACAGGAGCAGUAAGUAUUUCCCUCAGUUUGAGAACCAAGGUAUCAAUCCAGUAGGAGAAUCUCGUCAAGUCCAGAGUACAUGCGCAAACACAGACGAGCUUGCACCCAACGCUAUAAAGGGGUUGUCAAUCCCUUCAAGAUUGAUUGCAAAGUGAGAUCUGAAGGCGGAAAGUGCAACGAAGUAAAAGAGUAAGGUUGAAAUUAUGGUGUGGAGUAGACCCGGGGGCCAUAGUGUUCACUAGAGGCUUCUCUCAAAAUAGAAAAUAGUACGAUGGGUGAACAAAUUACUGUCGAGCAAUUGAUAGAACCGAGCAAAGUCAUGACAAGGCAAUGAUCAUACAUAUAGGCAUCACGUCCGAGACAAGUAGACCGAUAGUUUCUGCAUCUACUACUAUUACUCCACACAUCGACCGUUAUCCAGCAUGUAUCUAGUGUAUUGAGUUCAUGACGAACAAAGUAACGCCUUAAGCAAGAUGACAUGAUGUAGAGGGAUAAACUCAAACCAAUGAUGAAAACCCCAUCUUUUUACCCUUGAUGGCAAGAACACGAUGCGUGCCUUGCUACCCCGUCUGUCACUUUGUGAGGUCACCGCUCGGUAUGAACCGAAAACCAAGCACUUCUCCCAUUGCAAGAAUCAUAGAUCUAUUUGGCCAAACAAAACCCACAACUCGAAGAGAAUUACAAGGAUAUGAAAUCAUGCAUAUAAGAGAUGAGAAGAAACUCAAAUAAGAUUCAUAGAUAAUCUGAUCAUAAAUCCACAAUUCAUCAGAUCUCGACAAACACACCGCAAAAGAAGAUUACAUGGGAUAGAUCUUCAUGAAGACCAUGGAGAACUUUGUAUUGAAGAUCCAAGAGAGAGAAGAAGCCAUCUAGCUACUAGCUAUGGACCCGUAGGUCUAUGGUGAACUACUCACGCAUCAUCGGAGAGGUCAUGGUGUUGAUGAAGAAGCCCUCCGUAUCCGAAUCCCCCUCCGGCAGGGCACCAGAAAGUGCCCCAGAUGGGAUCUUGCGGAGACAGAAGCUUGCGGCGGCGAAAAAGUACUUUCGAUGGUCUCUUGAUUUUUUUAGAAUUUAUGGGAAUAUAUAGGCGAAAGACCAAGGGCAUGGGAGGCCCAGGGAGCCAACAAGCCUGGGAGGUACGGGCCCCCUGGCCGCGGCUAGGGGGCUUGUGGGGGUACCUGGAGACCCCCUGCCUUGGUUCUCAAGCUUCCCGAACUUCUUCUGUUUCGGAAAAAAUCUUUUUGGAGUUUCGUUCCGUUUGGACUCCGUUUAAAAUCCUCCUGUGAAAAGGGUCAAAAACAUGGAAAAAACAGGAACACGCACUUGGCACUGAGUUAAUAAGUAAGUCCCAAAAAAGAUAUAAAAGGCAUACAAAACAUCCAAAGUUUGACAAGAUAAUAGCAUGAAACCAUCAAAAAUUAUAGAUACUUUGGAGACAUAUCAGUCUCCUCUGAUCUCUUAUAUGCAUGAUUUCUUAUCCUUGUAAUUCUCUUCGAGUUGUGGGUUUCGUUUAACCAACUUGAUCUAUAAUUCUUGCAAUGGGAGAAGUGCUUGGUUUUGAGUUCAUACCGUGCGGUGACCUCACCCAGCGACAGAAGGGGUAGCGAGGCACGUAUCGUGUUGUUGCCAUCAAGGGUAAAGAUGGGGUUUAUAUCUAUUGCAUGAAUUUAUCCCUCUACAUCAUGUCAUCUUGCUUAAGGCGUUAUUCCGCUUUUCAUGAACUUAGUACACUAGAUGCAUGCUGGAUAGCGGUCGAUGUGUGGAGUAAUAGUAGUAGAUGCAGAAAGUAUCGGUCUACUUGUCUCGAACGUGAUGCCUAUAUGCAUGAUCAUUGCCUUAGAUAUCAUCAUGACUUUGCGCGGUUAAAUCAAUUGCUUGACAGUAAUUCGUUCACCCACCGUAAUAUUUGCUAUCAUUGGAGAAGCCUCUAGUGAACACUAUGGCCCCCGGGUCUACUUCACAUCAUAUUUUCAGCCUUACACUUUUACUUUGUUGCACUUUCCGCCUUCAGAUCUCACCUUGCAAUCAAUCUUGAAGGUAUUGACAACCCCUUUGUAGCGUUGGGUGCAAGUUUGCUGUUUUUGCGCAGGUACUUUGGAGACUUUCCUUGAUACUCCUACUGGAUUGAUACCUUGGUUCUCAAACUGAGGGAAAUACUUACUGCUACUGUGCUGCAUCACCCUUUCCUCUUCAAGGGAAAAACCAACGCAAACUCAAGAGGUAGCAAGACCCUGCGGGUUCGAGAACUAUGUAGACAUGACCGAGACACUCUCUGGUCAGUAACCAAUAGUGAGACCUGGAUGCCCAUAUUGGUUUCUACAUAUUUUACGAAGAUCUUUAUUGAUUGAACUUCUAUAUCAAGGAUUUAGAUAAUCCCGUAUGCUAUUCCCUUUGUCCAUCGGUAUGUUACUUGCCCAGGAUUGAUUGUCGGUAUCUGCAUACCUAGUUCAAUCUCGUUACCGGCAAGUCUCUUUACUCGUUCCGUAAUACAAGAUCAUGUGGCUAACUCUUUAGUCACAUUGCUUGCAAGCUUGUUGUGAUGUUGUAUUACCGAGUGGGCCCCGAGAUACCUCUCCAUCAGAUGGAGUGACAAAUCCUUGUCUUGAUCCAUGCCAACCCAACAAACACCCUCGGAGAUACCAGUAGAGCAUCUUUAUAGUCACCCAGUUAUGUUGCGACGUUUCAUACACACAAGGUAUUCCUCCAGUUUCAUUGAGUUGCAUGAUCUCCUGGUCAUAGGAACAAAUACUUGACAUGCAAAAAAUAAUAGCAAUAAACUGAUGCGAUCAUAUGGUACGUGUUGGAAAUAUGCCCUAGAGGCAAUAUACUAAAUUUCUUAUUAUUAUAUUUCCUUGUUCAUGAUAAUCGUUUAUUAUCCAUGCUAGAAUUGUAUUGAUUGGAAGCUCAAAUACAUGUGUGGAUACGUAGACAACACACUGUCCCUAAUGAGCCUUUAAGUACUAGCUCGUUGAUCGAAGAUGGUCAAGGAUUCCUGACCAUAGACACGAGUUAUCAUUUGAUAAGAGGAUCACAUCAUUAGGAGAAUGAUGUGAUGGACAAGAUACAAACUAUAAACUUAACAUACGAUCGUGUUAGUUUAUUGCUACUGUUUUCUGCAUGUCAACUAUCUGUUUCUAUGACCAUGAGAUCAUGCAACUAUCAGGCACCGGAGGAAUGCCUUGUGUGUAUCAAACGUAACAACGUAAUUGGGUGACUAUAAAAGUGCUCUAAUGGUAUCUCUGAAGGUGUAUGUUGGGUUGGCAUGAAUUGAGACUUUGAUUUGUCACUCCGUAUGACGAAGAGGUAUCUCUAGAGCCUACUCGGUAAUGAAAAAUCACAAUGAGCUUGCAAGUAAUGUGACUAAAGAGUUAGUCACGGCAUCUUGUAUUACGGAAUGAGUAAAGACACUUGCCGAUAACGAGAUUGAACUAGGUAUGGAGAUACCGACGAUCGAAUCUCGGGAAAGUAACAUACCGAUGGACAAAGGGAACAAUAUACGAGAUUGAUUGAAUCCUUGACAUCGUGGUUCGACCGAUAAGGAUCUUUGUACAAUAUGUAGGAGCCAAUAUGGGCAUCCAUGUCCCGCUAUUGGUUAUUUACCAGCGAGUGUCUCAGGUCAUGUGUGCAUAGUUCUUGAACAUGCAGGACCUGCACACUUAAAGUUUGGCGACGUUUUAGUAUAGUUGAGUUAUGUAUGUUGGUGACCGAAGGUUGUUCGGAGUCCCGGAUGAGAUCCCGGACGUCACCAGGAGCUCUUGAAUGGUCCGGAUGUAAAGAUUGAUACAUGGGAAGUUCUGUGUUGGUCACUAGAGAAAGUUCGAGCGUCAUCGAUGGCGUACCGGGGGUGCCGGAAGGUUUCCGGGGGUCCACCAGCCCGGAGGGUCCACACGGGCUGUGAGGGAUGCACACCAGCCCCUGCUGGACUUGGUGCACAUCCCCGCCUAAGGCCCAUGUGGCUGGGCUGGUGGAGGGCCAACCCUAUAGGGGCGCGCCACCCUAACUUGGGGGGGGGGGGGGGGGGCCAACCCUAUAGGGGGGGGCCCCCCAAAGUGGGGGGGGGGGGGGGCAAGCCACCCCUAGGGCAGAUGCCCCUUCCUCCUUUGGCCGCUGCCCCUCCCUCCUUUGGCCGCCGCCCCCUAGGGUUGAAUCCCUAGGGCGGAGCCCCUCUCCCCUUCCCCCUAUAUAUAUAGAUGGGGAGAGAGAGGGCUCCAACACACCAAGGCCACGACGCAGCCCUGUCUCUCCCACAUAUCAGUUUUCUCCUCUAGAUUGGUUCCGGUAUUGCUUGGCGAAGCCUUGUCGGAGCAGCUCCACCAACACCGCCACCAUGCCGUCGUGCUGACGGAGAACUCAUCUACCUCUCCACCCUCUCGCUUCCAGGAUCAAGGAGCCGGAGAUCGUCAUCGAGCUGUAUGUGUGCUGAACGCGGAGGUGCCGUUCGUUUGGCACUAGAUCUAAAUGGAUCGUGAUGGGAUUGUCGAACGGAUCAUGAUGGGAUCGUGGGACGAAUCGUGAUUGGAUCUCGGGACGGAUUGUGAUUGGAUCACAAAGACGUUCGACUAUAACAACCGCGUUAUAUACACUUCCGCUUAGCGAUCUACAAGGGUAUGUAGAUGCACUCCCCCUCUCGUAGAUGAUAGUCUGCAUAUAUUGAUCUUGGUGAGUGUAGGGAAUUUUUUGUUUCCCAUGAAAUGUUCCCCAACACUACGUUCAUAGUUUCGGUAUUGUCCAUCACAUUAUUCUCCUAAUGAUGUCAUCCCGUUAUUAAAUGACAACUCAUGUCUAUGGCCAGGAAACCUUUAGAUGCUCACCUGGGACAGUGUGUUGUCUACGUAUCCACACAAGUAUUUGAGUUUCCAAUCAAUACAAUUCUAGCAUGGAUAAUAAACGUUUAUCAUGAACAAAGAAAUAUAAUAAUAACCAUUUUAUUAUUGCCUCUAGGGCAUAUUUCCAACAGUUACUUGCAAACUAGCAGGUGGUUGAUGCUUUCAUUUAUGAUUCUUGCUACCUACAAAAACUCAAACUAAUCAAUUGCAAUCUCCACUAAUGAAUUUUACAUAUCAAAUUUUAAAUCUGUGGCUGGGACUGAUGCCUCAACUACUUUACAAAUAUUCUCCCACUACUAUCUUGUCGAAUAUAAAGUAGGGUUGCAAUACUUCCCAAUGAGGAUACUGUCGUGGGAUGAUUUCGACACUAAGAGAGAGGGGUAGGGAUGGAGCUAGAUCUAGCAGGGUGCCAGUGUGAGAUAAGGAGGUUUUAUCAGUUCAGACCCCUCUCGGAAGAGCUAAUGACCCGCGGUGGGAGCUUUUCUUUCUCUUUGUGUUUUGGUGAUUACAAAUGAUGCGAACCCCUGUUACAAAAGUAGGGAGCCGCUUAUAUAGAGUGCACUAUGUCCCAUGACAAUUGCCAUUACAAGGGUUUAAAUAUGUCUAAUUAUUAAAUCGAGUAAAAAAGGUAACUGAAAGAUGUCUAAUUAUUAGAUCGACUACAAAAGGUAACUGAAGCAAUAAAGGUAGUAAUACUAGUUCUAUUAAAGUCCAUGAGGCUCAUGUGCAUUCUCCGCUUGUUCUACAUCAUGCCUCCGAGUAAUUCGUGUAUUUUAACACUGAUGAACUCCGUCCAAAUGACCUGGUGUACUUGACCCGCCCGGGUGUGUUGGUAUCGUCCGAGUGAUUUUUCACGUCAACUGUGUUUGGUAGGUGAUCAUCUUGCUUUACGAUUCCCAUGGAUUGUAGUUUGUUCAGUGCUGAUGAGCCUACCAUUAGUAGCUGACCUCAUAGACAUCAGACUAUUAUGACCCCCUAUACUAUCAGAGUGCGACCAUUAUGUGUAACUCGGUGUUUAACCGCAUGUGUAUCCAUGUAUUAGGAGCCAGGUGGAUGGGCACAUCAUCAGAUAGUGCGUAGUGAUUCAUGUGGCUACAAACAGAAUAAAUCAAAAUUAAUGGGAGCCUUUACAACCACACCUACUUUUUUUUUCUGUUGUGCCUUGACAGGUGGGACCUGAUUGUCAUACAGAGUAUACUUUGCAAGUGAGCCUUUCCCAUCAUUGUAAGUGAGCCUCACACCGUGCUGGCAUACCUAGACAUCAACAUAUACGCAUCUGAACGUUGUUGAAACCAUAUUUGAACAAAGAGUGCCAAGUAUUUGAAUCAGUUCGACGUUUUUUUCUAAGUUCAGACACGAAAGUGGACAUGGAUGGCAAGUUCAAGCACCACUGGUGCAAUUACCUCAAUGCAAAUAUUUAAGGGGUAAUUUUCGGGAGCAGUAACUUUCCGGAAAUAAAAUAAAUAAAAACUAGUGGGUGGCUUAGAUGAAAAACUACGGUAGAUGAGGAGAGAGGCGCAGGUGGUAAUCUAACGAUGGAUAUAUUUGCCCAUGCAGCAGCAUUCAGACGCAAUGCAUUGGAGGGCCACCCCUCUUCCGCUGAUCCAGAGGGAUAAGACAUCCUUCAACAAGCAAACGACGACCACCCCUUCGCAAUCUUGUUGGAAAGGAGCGGCGCUGCGCAUACGGUGAUAUAUACUGGGGCGGCAUGAGGGGGCCUCAAGUCAAGUGUAGCCUGCCAAGCUAGCUAUCGGCUCCCGACCUAGCAAUUUACGUACCACCAUGGCCCCAGCCGUGAUGGCUUCUUCAGCCACCACCGUCGCCCCCUUCCAGGGGCUCAAGUCCACCGCGGGCCUCCCCGUCAGCCGCCGCUCCGGCAGCGCCGGCCUCAGCAGCGUCAGCAAUGGCGGAAGGAUCAGAUGCAUGCAGGUAUGGAAACCAAUUAUUAUUUUUGCCAAGGAUGGUAUGGUCAAGGUGCAUCUUCGCACAAUCAUAUAUUUAUAAAUGUAGCGACUUUGUUUGUUUGGAUGGUGGCUUUGAAUUGGUCUUUGUAUUUAUUUUGUUAGAUUUACUGAAUAAACAUAAUAAAAAUGAUAAUCUGCAUUGCUUGAUGCAGAUGCCGCCGGUGUUAUCCUCCUUUUUGAUUUUCUUUUCUAAAGGAUGACAAACACUAAGCUAACAUGAAUGUUCUUGUCGGGACAAUUGGUUAAUUUAUCGGGUAUUUCCACUGCACAUAGCCAAAGCUAUCCUUAGCAUGUGUAACCCAUAUACCAGGCCAAAACUAAACCAAGAUAGUGCACCACAAUGUAUGUAGAAGCACGUUCACAAGUGUAAGAAUACUUAACUCAUAAACUUUGUGAACAGAUUUUUUUUUUUUGCAAUGGGUACUAGAUCCCUUCGUCUCAAAAUAAAUGUCGUAAAUCAAUAACUAAACUAGUACAAAUUUUAUACUAAGUCAGUGACAUUUAUUUUGAGACGGAGGGAGUACUAUUUUAAUUCCCGUACACUACCCAUAAGCAAGAGCUGCCCUGGAGCUUUCUUGCUUGCGGACAUACCAUAAGGAGUAAUUUUUGCCUUAUGGCUAUGUCUUUCUUUAGGCACUAAGUGUUGAUCAGUUGUGUUCAUUCCAAUCAUUCAGGUGUGGCCCAUUGAGGGCAUCAAGAAGUUCGAGACCCUGUCUUACUUGCCACCCCUCUCCACGGAGGCCCUCCUGAAGCAGGUCGACUACCUGAUCCGCUCCAAGUGGGUGCCCUGCCUCGAGUUCAGCAAGGUUGGCUUCGUCUUCCGUGAGCACAACAGCUCCCCUGGAUAUUACGACGGCCGAUACUGGACAAUGUGGAAGCUGCCUAUGUUUGGGUGCACCGACGCCACACAGGUGCUCAACGAGGUGGAAGAGGUCAAGAAGGAGUACCCUGACGCCUACGUCCGCAUCAUCGGCUUUGACAACCUGCGGCAGGUGCAGUGCGUCAGCUUCAUCGCCUUCAGGCCACCGGGUUGCGAGGAGUCCGGCAAGGCAUAAAGUGCAAGUUGAAGUAACCGAUAUACAUGCUAUGUUAGUUCACAUUGGUUGGUCGGCAGCUCUGCUUUCUCAAUUUUACUUCUCGUUCCAAUCAUAUGUGAAUAUACGAGCAUAUGUAUUUAAGCACCUACCAACGUAGGCCGAGAAGGAUGCAUAUGAGAAUCAUAGCACCGGCUAUACAUACUUUGUUUGCAGCUGGAAAUGCCUAUGUCUUGCAUUCUUUUCUUCUCAUGCAUUUUUUGCUCAAUCAUAUGUUGCGUAUUAUCUAAUGCAAAAAUUGUUAUGGAAUACCAAAGUACUUCGAAUUUCUGUGGAGAAACAGAUAACAAGUGGUGAGAACCCCCUGAAAACUAGUGGCAAAACAGUAGGGAAUUGACGAGAAACAUACAAUAACAAAAAACUAAAAACGAAAUUAAAAAACUACAAAAAAGUACAAACAAAGGUGUCAAAACAAGACAAGGACAAACCUACCGUACUGCACUUGUCAUGUGAGCCAUAUUCCAGCGUCGAUUCAUCAAUAACAUGCCACUUUUCCUAACCAUUUUACACCACAAUUAGAUAUUUUUUGUAGUAUUCACUAGUAGAAAAUGACCCAUUUGUCCCGGUUCCAGAUGCCCAUUAGCCCCGGUUCUGAAACCGGGACUAAAGGGUCCAUACUAAAGGCCCAAAUCUUUAGUCCCGGUUGGCUUACGAACCAGGCCCAAAGGAGCUCCAAGUGGCCGCUGCGGGGAGCCCAGGCAGGAGGAACUUUAGUUCCGGUUGGUCACACCAACCGAGAUCAAAUGGCAUCCACGCGUCAGCAUCUGGACGGAGCUGGAUUUUUUUUAAUUGGGGGGGGGGGGUUUGGGGUUUUUGAUGGUUUAAUUUAGUGGUUUCGUAUUCUGAUAGCUAGCUAAUAGAGAGAAGUGUCCUCUCUUUCUCCGUGCUUGGUCGACGCUAGCUACUGUACAUAUAGAAAGAACUUAACGCUAGCUAAUAAGAAAAUGAAGGAAACCAUUUACAAUCCCUAACAUCUUUUACAAUAUAACAUCUUUUACAAUCCCUAACAUCUUUUACAAUAUAACAUCUUUUACAAUCCCUAACAUCAUCUACCUAAGAUCUAAUCACAAAUAACUCACAUAGUAUUCUCCAUCUUUAGGUAUGACGUGGUCAAGAAAGAAUCCCGCGAAUUCCUCGUGAAUUGCUCGUAUGCGAUCAUGUGUUAGGAGUUCAUCCCGCAUCUGCGAGAUCUAAUUUAAAGAAGGGGGUCAAUACAUGCAUAUAUAUGAAUAAAACUCAACACAAUUGAUGGUAAUAUAAAAAAUAAAAUUGUGAAUAUUAUUUACGUAUUUGAUAUUGUUUCUCAGAUAAGCCCCCGCUCAGAGGUCGAGAGGCGAAUGAGCUCGCAUACGUAAUCUGCACAUAAUUCAGUCCCACUUUCCUGGUACAAGCAGUUUACGAGAAUAGAGUUCAAUCAAAGUGGUAAGCAAGCAUGGUAAUGAUAUAUUGAUGAAAAAUUGAAUCAAUUAGAGAUACGCGGAACUAGCUAGUACUACUUACUUUGGGGUGCGUAAAUUGCAACUCUUUGUUUAGACCGGGAGUCUUUUUGGUGAACUUCUUCCAAACCCUGCGAGACAAAGAAAAUGAUUACUUGAUAUCAGGAAAUUAACGAAAGUUGCAUGCCGAUAUGCUCCCGGUAUUGACUGAACUUACUUCUUGAGCAUUGCAGUCAUGUCCGUAUAAUACUCGGGAUCUUUACGUCUCGAGUCUAAGGCAGUUCCUUUUGCCCCGUCAAGCUUAAUGGAUAGUAGAAUAUAGUGGUAACUGCGCACACAUAUAUAACUGAUCAAAUACAUUACUUAACCUCGAGUAAGCGAAACUGAGUAUACAGAGAAGAUAACAACACUCACUUGAAGUUGUAAGGAAAGAGUAUUUCCCUUUUGUUUUGAUGUAUAAGGAACAACUUUAGCAAGUUCUUCUAGGUCUCUUUGGUUGAGUAUCGUGCCAACCAUUCAUUUACGGCAUCUGGGCUAAUGAACCCACAUCGAAGAUUCCUGCUUUUUUUAAUUCGAAGAUCUUCAAUCUGCAUAAUAUAUAUAAUGAGGACAAUUAUAUAUAUACAUGCAAUGAAUGAGCCGAGCUAGAGACUUAACUAUAGAAGUAAUACUUACAAAUAGUAGGAAGUCACGAGUUGUUUGUCUAGGGCCAGUUGAUUGUAUAACUGAAAUAACUACACAAAUUCAACAGGCAUCACUGGAGCUCCAAUGAAUUCGUGCUCUAGUUUUACUUCCAUCUAGAUAGUGUCUUUCCCAUACUCGAUGCAGGUAUUCAUGUACCACUCAUGAAAUUUGUGCAUCAUCGGUGCUAGAGGAGGAUGACCAGGUUUGACGAGAGGCUUCCCGUGCAUGUAUUUACAUCAUCCCCCAAGUAAUCACCAGGAUUGGUACCGGGCACCAUCCCGGAGGAUUAGCGACGAUAUCUCUCGACACCUUGAGCGGGGGGCACGAUAUCUUCUCGUGUUGGCCGAGUUGGGGAAUUGUUUUCCCACUUCUUCGUUUUGCUAACCUUGCAUCACUUCGAGCCGCCGGAGCAGCGGUGUAUCUCUUCUGCUUGAUAGAAGGAGGAGANNNNNNNNNNNNNNNNNNNNNNNNNNNNNNNNNNNNNNNNNNNNNNNNNNNNNNUGUACUCCUACUGCCAUAGACAUGUACUCCUCACGGCAUGAACCAGCUUAUUCUCCCCUUCACCUGUAGGGUGGUCAAGCUCGAGCUCCUCAAAUCUGUCCAUUACUUCAUCCACCAUCACAACAGCAAAGCCAUGUGGAAUCGGAAGGCAGUAAAAAAGUUUCGUUGGGUUGAGGAGGUGCAAUAGAGCCGAUAGCAGCCUUGAAAGUGAGGUUCCGACAUUUCGUCAUAAGCUCGCAAUUUUGAGCCUGUGUGAUAGUAUCCACGGGGUAGCUAGGAGCCGUGAAGUCAGGCUGAACGAGCUCCGUGGAAGCCACGCUUCUUCUCCGCUGAGAUGGCGGGGUAGCUUCUCGGGUAGCUCGCUGGCUCUCAAGUUCCUCUAGCUUUUGUAGUCUUGCAUUGAUCUUCUGCAUGUCGCUCAGCUCCGCUUUCCUCUUUCUCUCUCGGCUUCUGUAACCGCCUGCGUUGGGAAACCCAACCUUCCACGGAACGGAGCCUGGUGUUCCUCGUGUCCGUCCAGGGUGCUCAACAUUCCCUAGGGCCUCAGUCAUCUCGUCCUUCUCUCUGUCGGGAAUGAACGUCCCUUCCUGCGCUGCGGUGAUACAAUUCGGAAGCGUCUUGAUGGGUAUUGCAAAUUGCUCGUUCGUUCAACGGCACUUCCCUGUUUCAGGGUCCAAAGUUCCCCCAACCGCGAAGAACAAAGUCCUUGAAUGGUCUGGCUAGCUAAAUGUCUGUGGUUCGACCCUUUUAGCAAUCAUGUCAUUCUCAGCUUUGUCCCACAACGGAUGGGCUUUGAGGUAGCCACCUGACCCCGUGUGAUGGUGAUGCUGCUUCUUUGCAGCAUUGUUCUUGUUUGUCUCUCGCAUUUUCUUACUCUUGUCCGAUGUCUUGUAGGCCACAAAUGCGGGCUAGUGAUCUCUCAUCUUCUCAAAUCGGCCGAUGAACUCUGGAGUCUUCCCUUUGUUGGCAAACUUUGAUUUCAACUCAUUCUUCCACCUCCUGAAUAGAUCUGCCAUCUUCUUAAGAGCACACGCUUUGACCAGUGGCUCUAUAACUGGCUUAUUCGGAUCCUCCUCUGGCGGUAGGGUGAAAUUUUGCCUUCAGCACGGUCCAAAGAUCAUCUUUCUGCCUAUUGGUGACAUAAUCACCUUCAGGGACGUCGUCACCCUUAGGCUUAUUCCAUUGCUUGAUGCUGAUCGGGAUGUUGUCCCUAACAAUAGCUCCGCAUUCAGUAGAAAAGGCGUCCUUGGUCCGCUUGGGUAGAAUCGGUAGGCCAUCGUUCGCGAGUGUUGUGAUCGUGAAAUUUUCAUCCUUGCGCAACCUUCUCUUCGGGCCUCGUCUCGUAACCGAAGCUUGGCUCGAUGCUAACGUUGCAACAGCUCUCUACUCUGUUCGGUCACCGGAGCUAUCAUCAUGGUAUCCUUCUUCCUCCAACAUUCGGUCACCGGAGACAUCAUGAUCAUGUCCUCCCUCCUCCAUUGUUCGUUCACUGGAGCCGUCAUCCUCUCCUUCCAAACCAUCGAUGGCGUUGAGAUACCAAGAGACCUCAUCACCGUCGCGGAUUAUCUCACCCAACAACUACUCUUGUUCCAAGUUACUUGGAUCCAUAGUUUCUACAAAUAUUACAACAUGGCAAUUAAUAGACAAACAUGAAUGUCCGACGUCCGGACCGCCUCUCUCAUGAAUUUCAAACAACGGAUUCUAUACAAAAAACUUUCUACUAUAAACAAAAAACUUUCUUCUAUGAACAAAAAACCGUGUCUCAUCACUACUUGGAGGGGUGUGUUUAGUUCAUCCAUAAAAGAAUCUUCACAAGUCAUAAAUGUAUGAUCAUAAACUAGAAACAUCUAUCAUGAUAUUUGUAUACAUAAACAAAUGUACAUAGUGAGUAUUAGAAAAUGUACAAAAAUGCAUAGUGAAUAUUUGAAAAUGUACUCGGGGGCGACGACGACAGUGAUGGGCUCGGGGUGACGACGGGCUUGGGACGACGGCGAUGGGCUGGGAGGUGCUGAGACGUCUCCGUCGUAUCUAUAAUUUUUGAUUGUUUCAUGCCAAUAUUCUACAACUUUCAUAUACUUUUGGCAAUUUUUUAUACUAUUUUUGGAACUAACAUAUUGAUCCUGUGCCCAGUGCCAGUUCCUGUUUGUUGCAUGUUUUUUGUUUCGCAGAAUAUCCAUACCAAACGAAGUCCAAACGCAAUAAAAAACCGAAGGUGAUUUUUUAUGGAAUAUUUAUGAUUUUUGGGAAGAAGAAUCAACGCGAAACGAUGCCCGAGGGGGUCACAAGCCCAGGAGGCGCCCCCCUAGCACGCGGAUGGCAAGCUUGUGACCAAUCCCUAAGGCGGUUGGGGCCCUUCAUUCUCCGCAAGAAAGCUAAUAUCCGGAAUAAAAUAGUGUAAAAAUUUCAGCCCAAUCGGAGUUAUGGAUCUCCGAGAAUUUAAGAAACGGUGAAAGGUAGAAUCUGGGAGCGCAGAAACAGAAGGACAGAGAGAGAGGUAUCCAAUCUCGGAGGGGCUCUUGCCCCUCCGCUGCCACGGAGACCAUGGACCAGAGGGGAAACCCUUAUCCCAUCUAGAAAGGAGGUCAAGGAAGAAGAAGAAGGGGGGCUCUCUCCCCCUCUCUCCCGGCGGCGCCGGAACGCUGCCCGAGACAUCAUCGUCUGACGGAGAUCUACACUAACACCUCCGUCAUCUUCACCAACACCUCCAUCUCCUUCCCCCAUCUAUAUUCAGCGGUCCACUCUCCCGCAACCCUCUGUACCCUCUACUUGAACAGGGUGCUUUAUGCUUCAUAUUAUUAUCCGAUGAUGUGUUGCCAUCCUGUGAUGUCUGAGUAGAUUUUCAUUGUCCUAUCGGUGAUUGAUGAAUUGCUAUGAUUGGUUUAAUUUGUUUGUGGUUAUGUUGCUGUCCUUUGGUGCCCAUCAUAUGAGCGCGCACGUGGAUCACACCAUAGGGUUAGUAGUAUGUUGAUAGGACUAUGUAUUGGAGGGCAAGGGUGACAGAAGCUUCAUCCUAGCAUCGAAAUUGAUGCAUACGGGAUUGAAGGGGGAACAAUAUAUUUUAUUGCUAUGGUUGGGUUUUACCUUAAUGAACGUUAGUAGUUGCGGAUGCUUGCUAAUAGUUCCAAUCAUAAGUGCAUAGAAUUCCAAGUAAGGGAUGACAUGCUAGCAGUGGCCUCUCCCACAUAAAACUUGCUAUCGGUCUAGUAACGUAGUCAAUUGCUUAGGGACAAUUCCGCAACUCCUACCACCAAUUUUCCACACUUGUUAAACUAACGUAAUUGUUUCUUAGCAGCCCCUAGUCUUUAUUUACGUGUUCUUUCUUUUCUUGCAAACCUAUCCUAUCACUCCUACAAAGUACUUCUAGUUUCAUACUUGUUCUAGGUAAAGCGAACGUAAAGUGUGCGUAGAGUUGUAUCGGUGGUCGAUAGAACUUGAGCGAAUAUUGAUCCUACCUUUAGCUCCUCGUUGGGUUCGACACUCUUACUUAUCGAGAAAGGCUACAAUUGAUCCCCUAUACUUGUGGGUUAUCAAGACCUUUUUCUGGCGCCGUUGCCGGGAAGCAAUAGCUGUUGGAAAUAUGCCCUAGACACUACAGGAAUCAGCUUCUUUGCCGUCUGCCAUCACAGACGGCAAAGACGAAAUCCCGGACGGCAAAGACAAAACCACAGACGGCAAAGAAUCUCACGGCCGGCAAAAUUUCUGCAUCAGCCUACGACGGCAUAGGACCUUCUUUGCCGUCUGUCCCCCCCCCAAAGCGGACGGCAAAGAGCUUUGCCGUCAGCUUUUCAUAGGAGCAGUCGGCAAAGUGCUCGAGACGGCAGCCGACAGGCAUUGCCUCCAUUAGGGGUUAACGGAGGCUUUGCCGUCUGCCUCCCCCUUAUUCUUUGUCGUCUGCCUCCCCCUUAUUCUUUGCCGUCUGCCUCCUCCUCCCCCCUCCUCUCUUUGCCGUCUGCCUCCUCCUCCCCCCCUCCUGUGUGGCCUCUUCUUUGCCGUCUGCCCACCCUGGAGGCAGACGUCAAAGAGCCUAUAUAGACACCCCACGAUGCAUAGCUGGGUGCCAUGUGGCACCUUUGCCAUCUGCCAGCUGAUGGCACAGGUCUUUGCCAUCAGCUGGCAGACGAUAAAGAGCCCAUAUAGUACCUGUUUUUUUGUUUUAUNNNNNNNNNNNNNNNNNNNNNNNNNNNNNNNNNNNNNNNNNNNNNNNNNNNNNNNNNNNNNNNNNNNNNNNNNNNNNNNNNNNNNNNNNNNNNNNNNNNNUGAUGAGCUCAAUGUGACUAAGGAGUUAGUCACACGAUGACGUGCUACGGAACGAGUAAAGAGACUUACCGGUAACGAGAUUGAACAAGGUAUAGGUAUACCGACGAUCGAAUCUCGGGCAAGUUCUAUACCGACAGACAAAGGGAAUUGUAUACGGGAUUGAUUGAAUCCUUGACAUCGUGGUUCAUCCGAUGAGAUCAUCGUGGAGCAAGUGGCAGCCACCAUGGGUAUCCAGACCCCGCUGAUGGUUAUUGGCCGGAGAGGUGUCUCGGUCAUGUCUACCUGUCUCCCGAACUCGUAGGGUCUACACACAUAAGGUUCGAUGACGCUAGGGUUAUAGGGAAUUAUUAUACGAGGUUACCAAAAGUUGUUCGGAGUCCCGGAUGAGAUCCCGGACGUCACGAGGAGCUCCGGAGGUAAAGAUUGAUAUAUAGGAUGGAUGGUUUUGCACAUCGGAAAUGUUUCAGGAGUCACCGGUAAUGUACCGGGACCACCGGGACGACCGGAAAUGGUCCCGGGGGUCCACCGGGAGGGGCCACCAGCCCCAAGAGGUAGCAUGGGCCAAAAGAGGGAGGGCAACCAGCCCAAAGUGGGCUGGUGCACCUCCCACAAGGAGGCCCAAGGCGCAGGAGGUGGAGAGGGGGGAACCCUAGGCGCUGGUGGGCCUAAGGCCCACCUAGGGGUGCGCCACCUCUCCCCCUGCCCUGGCCACCGCACCUCCCAUCUGGGGGGGCUGCCGCACCACCUAGGGUGGGAACCCUAGGGGUGGCACCCCCUUCCCCUCCUCCUAUAUAUAGUGGGGGUUUUGGGGCUGUUUGACACACAGUUUCCCAUCUCCCUCGGUGCAGCCCUGCCCCCCUUCCUCCUCCUCUCCCACGGUGCUUGGCGAAGCCCUGCCGGGAGACCUCGUCUCUCCAUCGACACCACGCCGUCGUGCUGCCGGAGAUGUCACCCAACCUCUCCCUCCUCCUUGCUGGAUCAAGGUGCGGGAGACCUCACUGGGCUGCACAUGUGUUGAACGCGGAGGUGUCGUGGUUCAGCACUAGAUCGGAAUCAGACCGCAAUCUGAAUCGCCGCGAGUACGACUCCAUCAACCGCGUUCUAGCAACGCUUCCGCUUAGCGAUCUUCGAAUGAAUGAAGAUGCACUCACUCCUCUCUCGUUGCUGGUCUCUCCAUAGGAAGAUCUGAAUAUGUGUAGGAAUUUUUUUGAAUUUAUGCUACGUUACCCAACAAUAGCGUGGGGUGAAUAUUCGUGUGUGCUUGUUUGCUUUAUCACUAAGUAGAUUUAUUUGCUGUUCUAAGUUGUUCUCUAUCGUUAGUUAUGGAUAUGAAACACGAAAUGCCAAAAAAAUUAGGUGUACUUGCUACUCAUGGAGAUGGGGAACCUCCUAAAACCCUCGAUGCUCGUUGUGUGGAUAAUAUUAUGCAGUUCUUUAAUAAUCCUGAGAAAACCAUAUUAAAUUAUAUAAUGGGCUACACGUUCGAUCAACGUGAAUACUUUAGGUAUUAUCGCUUGACUCAAAAAGGGAAACUAUUAUGUGAUCAAAUUCAUAUGCUGAAAUGGUAUGCUUGGGAGCUAUGCUCGAGAUAUGAUAUUACUUGUUGCUCUACGAUGAAGGCUCAACACCUUCCCUUUUCUUAUAAAUUUAAUGCUAAUGAAACCUUGGCUUCUUAUGCUAAUGGUAUAUAUGAUUACUAUGAUGUGGAGCAAAUAGAAGAGUUUCUUUCUUUUAUGGGUGCUUAUGAAAUUGAAGCUCUGUUUAAAAGGUGUGAUGAUAAUGAUGAUCCUGCUUACCGAUCUGAAAAUUUGGUUAUGCUUCGUUAUUGUUAUACUCAUUAUGAAUACUGGUCGUCAACCCGUGCAUUUGCACGGGCUAGAUUAAUAACCUACAAUGGGAUGAAACUUCUGAGACUAUCUUUCAUUCAUUGGGGGUAAAGACAUAUCCUAAAUUUCUAUUGGAAAAAUUAUUCAAGUGUCAUCAUAGUUCAAAUUUAAUGCUUCAAAUAAUAGAAUGUCAAAGGACGCAUAUACUCAAAUAUUCUCUAUCCACAUAAAAAUUAAAUGAUUUAAUCUCCUCUAAUCUUGGUACAUAAUUCCUUCAACACAUUGGAUUUUUUUUCUUUUUGAAUUGUUCAUUCACUUGACAUCUAUUACCAUCAGUCUCUAGAGUAAUUUAGAAGUUUACUUUAGAUAUAUGAUGAAAGAGCCUCACAGAAUAAACAACAAAAAAAUUAGGUCUUUUUAAAGAGAUGACGAAUACAGACACACAUGAGAGAACAUUUUCUAUUACUUUUGUUCUUGUUCCAUAAUUUUAUCAUAAAAGAACAAAAUCCUAGUCUCCAACUGAUAUAAUCAUGCAUUGAAAAAAUAGUCAUUGGGUUGAGCAUCUGUUAGAUGUUUCGAUGGUUGCUCUUUUGUGCAUCCCCUUGGCUUCCAUCAUAUCCUAACGUACUGAUCUAAACAUAUUCAAUUUUAUUAUAUUAGUAAUUUCCUAAAAAUAAUAAAAUACUAAUAAUACGUUAACAUAUAUGGGCUGUUUGAAUGGCAGCUGAUGCCCACCUUACCAAAAUACGGGGUUGACCACCAGCGUGGGUGUCUUUUGGUUGUCAACUAAAUUUUUUAACCUACGCCAAAAGAAUUGUCGCUACUUCAUUUCCUGCACCAAUGGGCUGUUCGUAGCGGCGAAUUUUAUGGCCAGUUUUUCGGCUCAGGCGCGAUUCGGCGUGGCUGGCCUAGGCACCAUCAAAAUGACCGGCCUAUAGACAAAAGUAAACUGUCUGUCUCUAUUUUUAAUUCACAUGAACUUUGACUAAUAUGGUAUAUACAAAAUAUUAUUUGAAUGCAUAUUUUAUUUAGCUAAAUACUGAUACAAUGUUUUAUUUAAUAAAACACUGAUAAAAUAUCGUAUUUACCGAGAUACUCCUUUAAUAUUUAACUAAAAUUGUAUUUAUCAAACCGAACAAACUGACACACAUGCCUCAUUAUCCAUUAUCUACCGUGAGUAGGUGGUUCCUACAAACUAACAUGCAUAUUAUUCCUACAUAUUACUUUGCCGAGUUGUCAUUUUCAAAACUCAACAAUUGCUAUUUAAAUGUUUGUCGAGUACCUGAUAAUAUGAACUUCGCAAAGUUGAUGGUUGUUGACCUCCGUCUAGCCGAGUGAUGUUUGCCGAGAACAGAAAUCGACAAACACAAUGCAUAGUUGUUUCUAGCUAGGACUUGCUAAGUGUGUUGGAAACUCACCGAAUUCGGCGAUUCCGGUCGUGAAAUGGCAUUAACAAAAAACCUUAUCACCAUCACGUCCCAAAAAUGAACUGUGUAAAAAUAAGUAGCUAUAUUUUUUAAUGAAGAUUGUUCUUAUAUACGUGUUUAGUUUUCUUGAUUGUAUGUAAUAUCGACCUUUAUACCAUGCAUGCAUGGUACACUUGAAUUCGGUUUCAUUUAGUCGGUGUAAGCUUUAUUCAUACAUGUACAUAGGUUUGGUCUACUUUGCAAUUAUCUGAUUAUGCCGCAAAAUCUCGAACAAAACAUGUUUAACAUAUUUGUCCUCUCAAAACCAAACAUGCGUUUAUCGUAUUUUUAAGAAAUAUUAAUUUACAAAAGGUAUAGUUCAUGGACUAAUGUCACAUGUAAUUUUUACUCAUUAACAAUGAAAAUUGAGUAUCCUAGCAACCAGAAAAGCAGUUUGAGCGAAGUAGUCAACUGUAACCUCUAAUGCAUUAGGCAAUGUAAAGUCUUGGCAGUCCUGGUGAGAUAUAUAAUUCAUGCAUCGGCCUAUUUCGCAAGGCGGGGUUGCCAUAGUUCCGCUGUAAUUCACUCUUGUUCAUCCAGAAAAGGUUAAUUAGAAUACCUUCAGUGUCACAAUCUGAUGCCUUUUGUCGAUAAGAUAAAAAAAUGUGUAGAUGCAAAGUGUAUUACAUGGAACACGAACAUUUUUUUCUUGCGUAUAAUAACCUGUGCCAAACAAUGUGCUACCCUGGAAAACAAUUGAUUGAUCCUCCUUCACAGAAAUUACAUAGAACAUAGAGAACAUACCUUAUUAAAAUUGAAUCCCUGUAGAAAAUAUAAUAUGUUUGGAACCUGAAAAAAAGUCGAGUCAGGUGAAAUUCUUAUAACACCCAUGAAAUCAGGCCCAAUAUCGAAUGCGAUAACAAAAUGCACAUAUAGGAUAAGCCGUCAAAAGCACAGUCCGAGUAUAAGAGGUCAUAAAAACAAACUGGAUUAAAAUGUAUAUUUUUUACUCUGCAUGCCCCAAACAGACAAUGAUCUAAUCAACCGAAUUGUAUAUUUUACUACAUGUCAGAGAUUAAGAAAAAGGGAGAGGGUCAAGGGAUAUUGGUGGUAUAAAAUAUGAGAAACUGAGACAAAAAGACAGCUGAUAUGUGCACUAAAAAUGUGAAACUUGUUUAAUUGAGUGAAUCUCCAUGCCCCCAAACAGGUAAAUAUCAUAGAGAGAUACAUGUUAAAAAUUCAUUACAAUUAAAUACACCAAAAAAUAUAUUAUACUACCCCAGAUCAAAACCAAACCAUUUGCUUAAUGGUUAGCUUAUCACCUCGUCAUUGGCUGCGAUGGUGCCACGGCCAAGAAGAGCUUACCAUAUGUACCCCGGCUAGAUAGGUUAGACAAUGCUAGAUUUCACACGCUGCAUGGAGAGAGAAGCAUUGUAUUAACCCAAUCCAAUGGCUGGCAGGGCGAUGUUUGAUAUAUUAUCCAGUGCAUAGUGAAAGGUCCUGCACUGGACCUCAUCACCCAAUUUUAUAUAGCGCGUGGAGGCAGCCAAUUAUAUAAUCAGCUCAUGAUGUUCAUCAUGUACAUGCAAAUCUCGCUUUCCUAUUUGCCGGUGGAUAUAACUUGCCGCGAUCUCUUCGUCAGCUGCAACACACACAGAGAGAGGGACAUGCUGAUGCCUAAUUGCAUCAGAAGGAAGAUACCAAGGCCAACGUGCCAUGGUGCAGAUAGAUUUAGAUGUGAUUUGCGGCUGGAUCUAACACGCCGUCGAUGAAAGGAAAGACAUGUUACUCUAACAUGCCUAUAUGCCCUUCCACCUAUGAUUGGCACCAGAUCGCCAUGAAAGAGGCGAUGAAGGCUUAGACCAACAACUCUUCGUUAGGGAUUAACUAAAGGCGAUUUCUUGAGAUAACGAUCUUGUUGGUAGGAAAAUAGAUGACGGCUUUUUUUUUGUUUUGGAAGAGGUCAAUCUGGUAGUCCUUCCACGGCAAGAGUCUAAUGGAAAUAAUUUAUGGUUUUAGAUUUUAUCUAUGAAUAAUUGAGGCUUACUUAACGUGGAGACUUGAGAAUGUCUUUGUUACGUGUAGGCUGGGUCAGGUUGGUAGUUUUUCCCACGGCAAUACUCUAGAGGCCGACCAGUUUUUUUAGUUAUUUUACUGCAAGAGCAAAAGAAAUAAUAUAUAUGUUUUUGCCUGGGACUAAUUAACAUGCGCGAUUGAAAAUAUCAGUUACGUGUAGGCUGGGUCAGUCAGGUAGGCUACUUUUUUCUACCGCAGUAGUAACAUAAAAUUAAAUGGUCUAGAAAAAUACUGACUUAGGAUGUUAUGAUUGGAUCUGCACCGUAAUAAUUCGGUCCCACAAGAUGAACGGCUCGUAAAAUCUAAUUAACGUGAGAAUUUUUAAGGAGUCUCUAAUUAGUAUAAGUAUAGAUAAUGCCCAUAUUUAUCGAUUUAUGGAGAAAUUCUACGAUGCCCAAGAAGAGACUAAUAUUUUGCAGGAAACUAUGGAAGAAGAAAAUGCUGAUACUGUGAGCUCAUUAGAUGAAAAAGAUGACGAGGAGAGCGAAGAACAAAAGGAGGAAGAGCGGACUAGCUACCCGUGCCCACCUUCUAAUAAGAAUAACUCUUCAACUCAUACAUUGUUUAAUUUCCCUUCGAAGGAUGAAUGCUAUGUUUAUUGCUAUGAUCCCUUGGAUUUGUUUGAAAUAUCCCUUUUUGAUGAACUUGAUGCUAGCUAUGAUUAUGGCCAUGAUGCCAAUAUGAAUGAUGCUUAUGAAGAUGAACUUGCUAUAGUUCCUUAUGUUAAACAUGAAAUUGUUGCUAUCGCACCCACUUAUGAUAGUCCUAUUAUCUUUUUGAACUCUCCCAACUACACUAUAUCGGAGAAGUUUGCUCUUAUUAGGGAUUACAUAGAUGGGUUGCCUUCUACUAUUACACAUGAUGAUUUUUAUGAAUAUAAUAUGGAUAUGCUUGCUGCUCCUACUUGCAAUUAUUAUGACAGAGGAACUACAUCUCCACCUCUCUAUGUUUCCAAAACAAUAAAUAGCAAGAAACUGCUUAUGCUAUGUAUUGGCCUUUACUUGAUGUGCAUGAAUUGUUCUUUUAUGACAUGCCAAUGCAUAGGAAGAGAGUCAGACUUCGUCAUUGCAUGAUAUAUGUUACCUUCUGCUCACUACUAAAUUACAAAUCAUUGUCAAUUGAAAUUGGCUUUGAUAUACCUUGGGAUCCGGGUGGAUCCAUUACUUGAGCACUUUAUGCCUAGCUUAAUGGCUUUAAAGAAAGCGCUGCCUGGGAGACAACCCGGAAGUUUUAGAGAGUCAUUUAUUUCUGUUGAGUGCUUUUAUAUAGUUUAAAAACAAAAAAAAUAUAGAGGGGAGCUUAAAACUUUUUCAAAAAGAGAAGCGAUUGAAAGGUGAUGCAUUGUGGAAGUGAGGGUCGACCUUGAACACUUGUGUUCAUGCUCAUGGAAACAAUGUAGAAUUCUUCAUGGAAGUUUCUCGCACAAAUAAUUAUGCCUUUGUAAAUUUCCAUUGUAUUAUAAAAAUAAUGUGCCAAGUAAAGCCUUUAUGAUUAGUUUGGGUGAUAGUUGUUUGAUCAUGCUGAAAAAGACAGAAACUUUGUGCUCACAAAAUUAUUUUUAAUACCUAUCCACAAAGAGAUUUUGAGUUGAUUCUUUUUGCUGUUGAUUGAUAUGAAAAUUGCCCUAAUUUUCAUAAUUUUUCAGAAUUUUUGGAGUAUCAUAAGUAUGGCAUACGUUCAGAUUACUACAGACUGUUCUGUUUUUGACAGAUUCUGUUUUCUAUGCAUUGCUCUCUUAUUUUGAUGAAUCUAUGGGUAGUAUCGGGGGGUAUGAACCAUGGUGAAGUUGGAUUACAGUAGAUAUAAUUCUAAUAUGAAUUUGAAAUGAGUACACAACAGUACUUAAAGUGGUGAUUUACUUUAUUAUACUAACGGAUCUCACGAAGGUUUUGUUGAGUUUUGUGUGAUUGAAGUUUUCAAGUUUUGGGUGACACCACGAUGGAUGAAGGAAUAAGGAGAGGCAAGAGCCUAAGCUUGGGGAUGCCCGAGCAUCUAAGCUUGGGGAUGCCCCGGAAGGAAUCCCCUCUUUCGUCUACAAUCUAUCGGUAAUUUUACUCGGAGCUAUAUUUUUAUUCGUCACAUGAUAUGUGCAAAUGCUUGGAGCGUCUUUUGUGUUUAUUUUUCCUUUUUCUUUUAUGCACCAUGCUGGUAUGAGAUAGUCCUUGGUUGAUUUAUAGAAUGCUCUUUGCACUUCACUUAUAUCUUUCGAGUAUGGAUUUAUAGAAUGCUUAUGUGCUUCACUUAUAUCAUUUGAAGUUUGGAUUGCCUGUUUCCCUACACAUAGAAAACCGCCAUUUGUAGAAUGCUCUUUUGCUUCACUUAUAUUUUUUAGAGCGGGGCCUAUAUUUUGUAGAAAGAAUUAAAAUCUCAUGCUUCACUUAUACCUAUUUAGAGAGUUAACAGGAGUUGGUCAUUCACAUGGUUAGUCAUAAAAUCCUACAUAAACUUGUAGAUCACUGAAUAUGAUAUGUUUGAUUCCUUGCAAUAGUUUUGCGACAUGAAGAUGUGAUAUUAGAGUGAUGCUAGUGAAUAAUUGUGUAUUCAUAGAAAUACUUGUGUUAAGGUUUGUGAUUCCUGUAGCAUGCAGGUAUGGUGAACCGUUAUGUGACGAGGUCGGAGCAUGAUUUAUUUAUUGAUUGUCAUCCUUUGUGUGGAGGUCGGGACCGCGCGAUGGUUAACUCCUACCAACCCUUCCCCUAGGAGCAUGCGUGUAGUACCUUGUUUCGAUGACUAAUAGACUUUUGCAAUAAGUAUGUGAGUUCUUUAUGACUAAUGUUGAGUUCAUGGAUUAUACGCAAUCUCACCCUUCCACCAUUGCUAGCCUCUCUAGUACCGCGCAACUUUCGCCGGUGCAUUACACCCACCAUAUACCCUUCCUCAAAACAGCCACCAUACCUACCUAUUAUGGCAUUUCCAUAGCCAUUCUUAGAUAUAUUUCCAUGCAACUUCCAUCGUUCCAUUUAUUAUGACACGCACCAUCAUUGUCAUAUUGCUUUGCAUGAUCGUAAGAUAGCUAGCAUGAUGUUUUCAUGGCUUGUCCGUUUUUUGAUGUCAUUGCUACGCUAGAUCAUUGCACAUCCCGGUACACCGCCGGAGGCAUUCAUAUAGAGUCAUAUUUUGUUCUAAAUAUCGAGUUGUAAGUAAAUAAAAGUGUGAUGAUCAUCAUUAUUAGAGCAUUGUCCCAUGUGAGGAAGUAAAAAGAGGCCAAAGAAGCCCACCAAAAAAAGAGAAAAAAAAUAAAAAAAUGAGAGAAAAGAGAGAAGGGACAAUGCUACUAUCCUUUACCACACUUGUGCUUCAAAGUAGCACCAUGAUCUUCAUGAUAGAGAUUCUCCUAUGUUGUCACUUUCAAAUACUAGUGAGAAAUUUUCAUUAUAGUACUUGGCUUGUAUAUUCCAAUGAUGGGCUUCCUAAAAUUGCCCUAGGUCUUCGUGAGCAAGCGAGUUGGAUGCACACCCACUAGUUUCAUUUUGAACUUUCAUACACUUCUAGCUCUUGUGCAUCUGUUGCAUGGCAAUCCCUACUCACUCACAUUGAUAUCUAUUGAUGGGCAUCUCCAUAGCCCGUUGAUAUGCCUAGUUGAUGUGAGACUAUCUCCUCCUUUUUGUCUUCCCCACAGCCACCAUAUUCUAUUCCAACUACAAUGCUAUGUCCAUGGCUCACGCUCAUGUAUUGCGUGAAAGUUGAAAAAGGUUUGAGAACACUAAAGUAUGAAACAAUUGCUUGGCUAAAACCGGGGUUGUGCAUGAUUUAAAUACGUUGUGUGGGGAAGAUGGAGCAUAACCAGACUUUAUGAUUUUGUAGGGAUAACUUUCUUUGACCACGAUAUUUUGAGAAGACAUGAUUCCUUUGUUAGUAUGCUUGAAAUAUUAUUAUCUUUAUGUCAAAUGGUAGGCUAUUGCUUCGAAUCACUCGUGUUUUAGUAUUCAUGCCAUGAUUAGAUUAUAUAAUCAACAUUAUGCUAGGUAGCAUUCCACAUCAAAAAUUAUCUUUUUUAUCAUUUACCUACUCUGUUGGGGAACGUCGCAUGGGAAACAAAAAUUUUCCUACGCGCACGAAGACCUAUCAUGGUGAUGUCCAUCUACGAGAGGGGAUGAGUGAUCUACGAACCCUUGUAGAUCGUAUAGCAGAAGCGUUAGUGAACGCGGUUGAUGUAGUGGAACGUCCUCACGUCCCUCGAUCCGCCCCGCGAACAAUCCCGCGAUCAGUCCCACGAUCUAGUACCGAACGGACGACACCUCCGCGUUCAGCACACGUACAGCUCGACGAUGAUCUCGGCCUUCUUGGUCCAGCAAGAGAGACGGAGAGGUAGAAGAGUUCUCCGGCAGCGUGACGGCGCUCCGGAGGUUGGUGAUGACCUUGUCUCAGCAGGGCUCCGCCCGAGCUCCGCAGAAACGCGAUCUAGAGGAAAAACCGUGGAGGUAUGUGGUCGGGCUGCCGUGGAAAAGUCGUCUCAAAUCAGCCCUAAAACCUCCGUAUAUAUAGGUGGGAGGGAGGGGACCUUGCCUUGGGGCUCAAGGAGCCCCAAGGGGGUCGGCCGAGUCCAAGGGGGGAGGACUCCCCCCCCCCCAAACCGAGUUGGACUUGGUUUGGUGGGAGGGAGUCCCCCUUCCUUCCCACCUCCUCCUUUUUUUUUCCUUUCUCUUGAUUUUCUCUUCUUGGCGCAUAGAGCCCUUUUGGGCUGUCCCACCAGCCCACUAAGGGCUGGUGUGCCACCCUCAAGGCCUAUGGGCUUCCCCGGGGUGGGUUGCCCCCCCCCCCCCGGUGAACUCCCGGAACCCAUUCGUCAUUCCCGGUACAUUCCCGGUAACUCCGAAAACCUUUCGGUAAUCAAAUGAGGUCAUCCUAUAUAUCAAUCUUCGUUUCCGGACUAUUCCGGAAACCCUCGUGACGUCCGUGAUCUCAUCUGGGACUCCGGACAACAUUCGGUAACCAACCAUAUAACUCAAAUACGCAUAAAAUAACGUCGAAUCUUAAGUGUGCAGACCCUGCGGGUUCGAGAACUAUGUAGACAUGACCCGAGAGACUCCUCGGUCAAUAUCCAAUAGCGGGACCUGGAUGCCCAUAUUGGAUCCUACAUAUUCUACGAAGAUCUUAUCGUUUGAACCUCAGUGCCAAGGAUUCAUAUAAUCCCGUAUGUCAUUCCCUUUGUCCUUCGGUAUGUUACUUGCCCGAGAUUCGAUCGUCAGUAUCCGCAUACCUAUUUCAAUCUCGUUUACCGGCAAGUCUCUUUACUCGUUCCGUAAUACAAGAUCCCGCAACUUACACUAAGUUACAUUGCUUGCAAGGCUUGUGUGUGAUGUUGUAUUACCGAGUGGGCCCCGAGAUACCUCUCCGUCACACGGAGUGACAAAUCCCAGUCUUGAUCCAUACUAACUCAACUAACACCUUCGGAGAUACCUGUAGAGCAUCUUUAUAGUCACCCAGUUACGUUGCGACGUUUGAUACACACAAAGCAUUCCUCCGGUGUCAGUGAGUUAUAUGAUCUCAUGGUCAUAGGAAUAAAUACUUGACACGCAGAAAACAGUAGCAACAAAAUGACACGAUCAACAUGCUACGUCUAUUAAUUUGGGUCUAGUCCAUCACGUGAUUCUCCUAAUGACGUGAUCCAGUUAUCAAGCAACAACACCUUGUUCAUAAUCNUUAGUAUCCGUAUACCUAUUUCAAUCUCGUUUACCGGUAAGUCUCUUUACUCGUUCCGUAAUACAAGAUCCCGCAACUUACACUAAGUUACAUUGCUUGCAAGGCUUGUGUGUGAUGUUGUAUUACCGAGUGGGCCCCGAGAUACCUCUCCGUCACACGGAGUGACAAAUCCCAGUCUUGAUCCAUACUAACUCAACUAACACCUUCGGAGAUACCUGUAGAGCAUCUUUAUAGUCACCCAGUUACGUUGCGACGUUUGAUACACACAAAGCAUUCCUCCGGUGUUAGUGAGUUAUAUGAUCUCAUGGUCAUAGGAAUAAAUACUUGACACGCAGAAAACAGUAGCAACAAAAAUGACACGAUCAACAUGCUACGUCUAUUAGUUUGGGUCUAGUCCAUCACAUGAUUCUCCUAAUGACGUGAUCCAGUUGUCAAGCAACAACACCUUGUUCAUAAUCAGAAGACACUGACUAUCUUUGAUCAACUGGCUAGCCAACUAGAGGCUUGCUAGGGACGGUGUUUUGUCUAUGUAUCCACACAUGUAAAUGAGUCUUCAUUCAAUACAAUUAUAGCAUGGAUAAUAAACGAUUAUCUUGAUACAGGAAUUAUAAUAAUAACUAUAUUUAUUAUUGCCUCUAGGGCAUAAUUCCAACAGUCUCCCACUUGCACUAGAGUCAAUAAUCUAGCCCUCACAUCAUCAUGUGAAUUACAUUGUAAUAAAUCUAACACCCAUACAGUUCUGGUGUUGAUCAUGCUUUGGCCGUGGAAGAGGUUUAGUCAGCGGGUCUGCUACAUUCAGAUCCGUGUGCACUUUGCAUAUAUUCAUGUCCUCUCCCUCGACGUAGUCGCGGAUGAGGUUGAAGCGUCGUUUGAUGUGUCUGGUCUUCUUGUGAAACCGUGAUUCCUUUGCUAAGGCAAUGGCACCAGUGUUGUCACAGAACAAGGUUAUUGGAUUCAGUGCGCUUGGCACCACUCCAAGAUCCGUCAUGAACUGCUUCAUCCAGACACCCUCCUUAGCCGCCUCCGAGGCAGCCAUGUACUCCGCUUCACAUGUAGAAUCUGCUACGACGCUUUGCUUGGAACUGCACCAGCUUACUGCACCCCCAUUAAGAAUAAAUACGUAUCCGGUUUGCGACUUAGAGUCGUCCGGAUCUGUGUCAAAGCUUGCAUCGACGUAACCUUUUACGGCGAGCUCUUCGUCACCUCCAUACACGAGAAACAUCUCCUUAGUCCUUUUCAGGUACUUCAGGAUAUUCUUGACCGCUGUCCAGUGAUCCACUCCUGGAUUACUCUGGAACCUACCUGCCAUACUUAUGGCCAGGCUAACAUCCGGUCUAGUGCACAGCAUCGCAUACAUGAUAGAACCUAUGGCUGAAGCAUAGGGGACGGAGCGCAUAUGCUCUCUAUCUUCAUCAGUUGCUGGGCACUGAGUCUUACUCAAUCUCGUACCUUGUAGAACUGGCAAGAACCCUUUCUUGGACUGUUCCAUUUUGAACCUCUUCAAAACUUUAUCAAGGUAUGUGCUUUGUGAAAGUCCUAUCAGGCGUUUUGAUCUAUCCCUAUAGAUCUUAAUGCCUAGAAUGUAAGCAGCUUCUCCUAGGUCCUUCAUAGAGAAACUUUUAUUCAAGUAAUCCUUUAUGCUCUCUAAAAACUCUACGUUGUUUCCAAUCAGUAAUAUGUCAUCCACAUAUAAUAUUAGAAACGCCACAGAGCUCCCACUCACUUUCUUGUAAAUACAAGAUUCUCCAACCACUUGUAUAAACCCAAAUGCUUUGAUCACCUCAUCAAAGCGUUUGUUCCAACUCCGAGAUGCUUGCACCAGUCCAUAAAUGGAUCGCUGGAGCUUGCACACCUUGUUAGCAUUCUUAGGAUCGACAAAACCUUCGGGUUGUAUCAUAUACAACUCUUCCUUAAGGAAACCGUGAAGGAACGCCGUUUUGACAUCCAUCUGCCAGAUUUCAUAAUCGAAAAAUGCAGCUAUUGCUAACAUGAUUCUGACGGACUUAAGCAUCGCUACGGGUGAGAAAUUCUCAUCGUAGUCAACUCCUUGAACUUGUGAAAAACCCUUUGCCACAAGUCGAGCUUUAUAAACGGUCACAUUACCGUCAGCGUCCGUCUUCCUCUUAAAAAUCCAUUUGUUCUGAAUGGCCUUGCGGCCCUCAGGCAGUACCUCCAAAGUCCACACUUUGUUCUCAUACAUGGAUCCUAUCUCGGACUUCAUGGCUUCCAGCCAUUUGUUGGAAUCUGGGCCCACCAUUGAUUCUUCAUAAUUCGCAGGUUCAUUGUUGUCUAACAACAUGAUUGAUAAGACGGGAUUACCGUACCACUCUGGAGCAGCACGUGGUCUCGUCGACCUGCGUGGUUCGACAGAAACUUGAACUGGAGUUUCAUGAUCAUCAUCAUUAACUUCCUCCUCAACCGGUGUCGCAAUGACAGAGGUUUCCCCUUGCCGUGCGCCACCAUCCAGAGGGAUGAGAGGUUCGACAACCUCGUCAAGUUCUAUCUUCCUCCCACUCAAUUCUCUUGAGAGAAACUCCUUCUCGAGAAAAGCUCCGUUUUUAGCAACAAACACUUUGCCCUCGGAUUUGAGAUAGAAGGUGUACCCAACUGUCUCUUUUGGGUAACCUAUGAAGACGCACUUUUCCGCUUUGGGUUCCAGCUUUUCAGGCUGAAGCUUUUUGACAUAAGCAUCACAUCCCCAAACUUUAAGAAACGACAACUUUGGCCUUUUGCCAUACCACAGUUCGUAUGGUGUCGUCUCAACGGAUUUUGAUGGUGCCCUAUUUAAAGUGAAUGCAGCUGUUUCUAAUGCAUAGCCCCAAAAUGAUAACGGCAAAUCAGUAAGAGACAUCAUAGAUCGCACCAUCUCUAAUAGAGUACGAUUACGACGUUCGGACACACCAUUACGCUGUGGUGUUCCAGGCGGUGUUAACUGUGAAACAAUUCCACAUUGUCUUAAGUGAGCACCAAACUCGAAACUCAGAUAUUCACCCCCACGAUCAGACCGUAGGAACUUCAUCUUCUUGUUACGAUGAUUUUCCACUUCACUCUGAAAUUGCUUGAACUUUUCAAAUGUUUAGGACUUGUGCUUCAUCAAGUAGACAUAACCAUAUCUACUUUAAUCUUCAGUGAAGGUGAGAAAAUAACGAUAUCCGCCGCGUGCCUCCACGCUCAUCGGACCACACACAUCGGUAUGUAUGAUUUCCAACAAGUCACUUGCACGCUCCAUUGUUCCUGAGAAUGGAGUCUUAGUCAUCUUGCCCAUGAGGCAUGGUUCGCACGUGUCAAGUGAAUCAAAGUCAAGUGACUCCAAAAGUCCAUCAACAUGGAGUUUCUUCAUGCGCUUUACACCAAUAUGACCUAAGCGGCAGUGCCACAAAAAUAUGGCGCUAUCAUUGUUAACUCUAACUCUUUUGGUCUCAAUGUUAUGUAUAUGCGUAUCGCUAUCAAGAUUCAAUAUGAACAAUCCUCUCACAUUCGGUGCAUGACCAUAAAAGAUGUUACUCAUAGAAAUAGAACAACCAUUAUUCUCUGACUUAAAAGAGUAACCGUCUCGCAAUAAACAAGAUCCAGAUAUAAUGUUCAUGCUCAACGCAGGCACUAAAUAACAAUGAUUUAAGUUCAUCACUAAUCCUGACGGUAACUGAAGUGACACUGUGCCGACGGCGAUUGCAUCAACCUUGGAACCAUUUCCUACGCGCAUCGUCACUUCAUCUUUCGCCAGCCUUCGCCUAUUCCACAGUUCCUGUUUCGAGUUGCAAAUAUGAGCAACAGAACCGGUAUCGAAUACCCAGGCACUACUACGAGAGCCGGUUAAGUACACAUCAAUAACAUGUAUAUCAAAUAUACCUGAUUUUUCUUUGCCCGCCUUCUUAUCUGCCAGAUACUUGGGGCAAUUGCGCUUCCAAUGACCCAUACCCUUGCAAUAGUAACACUCCGUUUCCGGCUUAGGUCCAGCUUUGGGUUUCUUCGUCGGAUUGGCAACAGGCUUGCCGCUCUUCUUCGAAUUUCCCUUCUUGCCUUUGCUGUUUCUCUUGAAACUAGUGGUCUUAUUCACCAUCAACACUUGAUGCUCUUUACGGAGUUCAGACUCUGCGACUUUCAGCAUCGCAAACAACUCGCCGGGAGACUUGUUCAUCCCUUGCAUGUUGUAGUUCAACACAAAGCCUUUAUAGCUUGGUGGCAGUGAUUGAAGGAUUCUGUCAGUGAUAGCUUCUUGCGGGAGUUCAAUCCCCAGCUCAGCUAGAUGGUUUGAGUACCCAGACAUUUUGAGCACAUGUUCACUGACAGAUGAGUUUUCCUCCAUCUUGCAAGCAUAGAAUUUAUCGGAGGUCUCAUACCUCUCGAUCCGGGCGUUCUUCUGAAAGAUAAAUUCCAACUCCUGGAACAUCUCAAAUGCUCCAUGACGCUCAAAGCGACGUUGAAGUCCCGGUUCUAAGCCAUACAAGACUGCACAUUGAACUAUUGAGUAGUCCUCCUUACGUGCUAACCAAGCGUUCUUAACAUCUUGAUCAGCCGUAGCGGGUGGUUCAUCUCCUAACGCAGCAUUAAGGACAUAAUCCUUCUUCCCAGCUUGUAAGAUUAGCUUAAGAUUACGAGCCCAGUCUACAAAGUUGCUUCCAUCAUCUUUCAACUUAGCUUUCUCUAGGAACGUAUUAAAAUUCAGGAUGACUGUCGCGUGAGCCAUGAUCUACAACACAAAUAUUUCAAAGUGGACUUAGACUAUGUUUAAGAUAAUUAGAGUUCAACUUAAUCAAAUUAUUCACUAAACUCCCACUCAAAAAGUACAUCUCUCUAGUCAUUUGAGUGGUUCAUGAUCCACUUACACUAGCUCAAGUCCGAUCUUCACGUGAGUUGAGUAUAGUUUCAGUGGUAAGCAUCCCUAUGCUAAUCAUAUCAUCUAUAUGAUUCAUGAUCGACCUUUCGGUCUCAUGUGUUCCGAGGCCAUGUCUGCACAUGCUAGGCUCGUCAAGCUUAACCCGAGUAUUCCGCGUGCGCAACUGUUUUGCACCCGUUGUAUGUGAACGUUGAGUCUAUCACACCCGAUCAUCACGUGGUGUCUCGAAACGACGAACUGUAGCAACGGUGCACAGCCGGGGAGAACACAAUUUCGUAUUGAAAUUUUAGUGAGAGAUCACCUCAUAAUGCUACCGACGUUUUAAGCAAAAUAAGGUGCAUAAAAGGAUUAACAUCACAUGCAAUUCAUAAGUGACAUGAUAUGGCAAUCAUCACGUGCUUCUUGAUCUCCAUCACCAAAGCACCGGCACGAUCUUCUUGUCACCGGCGCCACACCAUGAUCUCCAUCAACGUGUUGCCAUCGGGGUUGUCGUGCUACUCAUGCUAUUACUACUAAAGCUACAUCCUAGCAAAAUAGUAAACGCAUCUGCAAGCACACACGUUAGUAUAAAGACAACCCUAUGGCUCCUGCCGGUUGCCGUACCAUCGACGUGCAAGUCGAUAUUUCUAUUACAACAUGAUCAUCUCAUACAUCCAAUAUAUCACAUCACAUCAUUGGCCAUACCACAUCACAAGCAUACCCUGCAAAAACAAGUUAGACGUCCUCUAAUUUUGUUGUUGCAUGUUUUACGUGGUGACCAUGGGUAUCUAGUAGGAUCGCAUCUUACUUACGCAAACACCACAACGGAGAUAUAUGAGUUGCUAUUUAACCUCAUCCAAGGACCUCCUCGGUCAAAUCCGAUUCAACUAAAGUUGGAGAAACCGACACUUGCCAGUCAUCUUUGAGCAACGGAGUUACUCGUAACGAUGAAACCAGUCUGUCGUAAGCGUACGAGUAAUGUCGGUCCAAGCCGCUUCAAUCCAACAAUACCGCGGAAUCAAGAAAAGACUAAGGAGGGCAGCAAAACGCACAUCACCGCCCACAAAAACUUUUGUGUUAUACUCGAGAAGACAUCUACGCAUGAACCUAGCUCAUGAUGCCACUGUUGCGGAACGUCGCAUGGGAAACAAAAAUUUUCCUACGCGCACAAAGACCUAUCAUGGUGAUGUCCAUCUACGAGAGGGGAUGAGUGAUCUACGUACCCUUGUAGAUCAUAUAGCAGAAGCGUUAGUGAACGCGGUUGAUGUAGUGGAACGUCCUGAUGUCCCUCGAUCCGCCCCGCGAACAAUCCCGCGAUCAGUCCCACGAUCUAGUACCGAACGGACGGCACCUCCGCGUUCAGCACACGUACAGCUCGACGAUGAUCUCGGCCUUCUUGAUCCAGCAAGAGAGACGGAGAGGUAGAAGAUUUCUCCGGCAGCGUGACGGCGCUCCGGAGGUUGGUGAUGACCUUGUCUCAGCAGGGCUCCGCCCGAGCUCCGGAGAAACGCGAUCUAGAGGAAAAACCGUGGAGGUAUGUGGUCGGGCUGCCGUGGAAAAGUCGUCUCAAAUCAGCCCUAAAACCUCCGUAUAUAUAGGUGGGAGGGAGGGGACCUUGCCUUGGGGCUCAAGGAGCCCCAAGGGGGUCGGCCGAGUCCAAGGGGGGAGGACUCCCCCCCCCCAAACCGAGUUGGACUUGGUUUGGUGGGAGGGAGUCCCCCUUCCUUCCCACCUCCUCCUUUUUUUUCCUUUCUCUUGAUUUUCUCUUCUUGGCGCAUAGAGCCCUUUUGGGCUGUCCCACCAACCCACUAAGGGCUGGUGUGCCACCCUCAAGGCCUAUGGGCUUCCCCGGGGUGGGUUGCCCCCCCCCNNNNNNNNNNNNNNNNNNNNNNNNNNNNNNNNNNNNNNNNNNNNNNNNNNNNNNNNNNNNNNNNNNNNNNNNNNNNNNNNNNNNNNNNNNNNNNNNNNNNNNNNNNNNNNNNNNNNNNNNNNNNNNNNNNNNNNNNNNNNNNNNNNNNNNNNNNNNNNNNNNNNNNNNNNNNNNNNNNNNNNNNNNNNNNNNNNNNNNNNNNNNNNNNNNNNNNNNNNNNNNNNNNNNNNNNNNNNNNNNNNNNNNNNNNNNNNNNNNNNNNNNNGGUAAGUCUCUUUACUCGUUCCGUAAUACAAGAUCCCGCAACUUACACUAAGUUACAUUGCUUGCAAGGCUUGUGUGUGAUGUUGUAUUACCGAGUGGGCCCCGAGAUACCUCUCCGUCACACGGAGUGACAAAUCCCAGUCUUGAUCCAUACUAACUCAACUAACACCUUCGGAGAUACCUGUAGAGCAUCUUUAUAGUCACCCAGUUAUGUUGCGACGUUUGAUACACACAAAGCAUUCCUCCGGUGUCAGUGAGUUAUAUGAUCUCAUGGUCAUAGGAAUAAAUACUUGACACGCAGAAAACAGUAGCAACAAAAAUGACACGAUCAACAUGCUACCUCUAUUAGUUUGGGUCUAGUCCAUCACCUGAUUCUCCUAAUGACGUGAUCCAGUUCUCAAGCAACAACACCUUGUUCAUAAUCGGAAGACACUGACUAUCUUUGAUCAACUGGCUAGCCAACUAGAGGCUUGCUAGGGACGGUGUUUUGUCUAUGUAUGCACACAUGUAGAUGAGUCUUCAUUCAAUACAAUUAUAGCAUGGACAAUAAACGAUUAUCUUGAUACAGGAAUUAUAAUAAUAACUAUAUUUAUUAUUGCCUCUAGGGCAUAAUUCCAACAUACUCGAGGACGAGCAGAAAUUAAGCUUGGGGAUGCUGAUACGUCUCCGUCGUAUCUAUAAUUUUUGAUUGUUUCAUGCCAAUAUUCUACAACUUACAUAUACUUUUGGCAACUUUUUAUACUAUUUUUGGGACUAAAAUAUUGAUCCAGUUCCCAGUGCCAGUUCCUGUUUGUUGCAUGUUUUUUGUUUCGUAUAAUAUCCAUACCAAACGAAGUCCAAACACAAUAAAAAACCUAUGGUGAUUUUUUAUGGAAUAUUUAUGAUUUUUGGGAAGAAGAAUCAACGCAAAACGAUGCCCGAGGGGGUCACAAGCCUAGGAGGUGCCCCCUAGGGCACGGCAGGCAGGCUUGUGACCAAUCCCUAAGGCGGUUGGGGCCCUUCUUUCGCCGCAAGAAAGCUAAUAUCCGGAAGAAAAUCGUGUUAAAAUCAGCCCACUUGGAGUUAUGGAUCUCCGGGAAUUUUAAGAAACGGUGAAAGGCAGAAUCUGGGAGCGCACAAACAGAAGGACACACAGAGAGAGAUCCAAUCUCGGAGGGGCUCUCGCCCCUCCGCCGCCAUGGAGACCAUGGACCAGAGGGGAAACCCUUCUCCCAUCUAGGGAGGAGGUCAAGGAAGAAGAAGAAGGGGGGCUCCCUCCCCCUCUCUCCCGGCGGUGCCGGAACGCCGCCCGGGACAUCAUCGUGUGACAGCGAUCUACACCAACACGUCCGUCAUCUUCACCAACACCUCCUUCUCCUUCCCCCAUCUAUAUUCAGCGGUCCACUCUCCCGCAACCCGCUGUACCCUCUACUUGAACAUGGUGCUUUGUGCUUCAUAUUAUUAUCCGAUGAUGUGUUGCCAUCCUAUGAUGUCUGAGUAGAUUUUUGUUGUCCUAUCGGUUAUUGAUGAAUUGGUGUGAUUGGUUUGAUUUGCUUGUGGUUAUGUUGCUGUCCUUUGGUGCCCAUCAUAUGAGCGCGCGCGUGGAUCACACGAUAGGGUUAGUAUUAUGUUGAUAGGACUAUGUAUUGGAGGGGAAGGGUGAUAGAAGCUUCAGCCUAGCAUAGAAACUGAUGCAUGCGGGAUUGAAGGGGGCCCAAUAUAUCUUAUUGCUAUGGUUGGGUUUUAACUUAUUGAACGUUAGUAGUUGCGGAUGCUUGCUAAUAGAUCCAAUCAUAAGUGCAUAGAAUUUCAAGUAAGGGAUGACAUGCUAGCAGUGGCCUCUCCCACAUAAAACUUGCUAUCAGUCUAGUAACGUAGUCAAUUGCUUAGGGACAAUUCCGCAACUCCUACCACCACUUUUCCACACUCGUUAAACUAACGUAAUUUUUUCUUAGCAGCCCCUAGUCUUUAUUUACGUGUUCUUUCUUUUCUUGCAAACCUAUCCUAUCACUCCUACAAAGUACUUCUAGUUUCAUACUUGUUCUAGGUAAAGCGAACGUGAAGUGUGCGUAGAGUUGUAUCGGUGGUCGAUAGAACUUGAGGGAAUAUUUAUCCUACCUUUAGAUCCUCGUUGGGUUCAACACUCUUACGUAUCGAGAAAGGCUACAAUUGAUCCCCUAUACUUGUGGGUUAUCAGUGACGGCGACGGCGAUUGGCUUGGGGCGAUGGGCUCGGGGGCGACGGCAGCGGGGACGUUUAUGGCCUCGGGGGUGACGGUGAUGACGGGCUCGGGAUGACGACGACGGCGACAGGCUCGGGGGCGACGACGACGGUGACGGGCUCGGGGCGACGACGGGCUCGGCGUGACAACGGGCUCGGGGCGAUGGCGACAAUGACGAUGGGCUCGUGGAGAAGGCGCGGGCCGGCGGCGACGGGCUCGGGGCGGCAACGACGACGGUGAGGAGAGAAGAGAACGGGGCAAAUGGGAGUUGGUAGAAAUUUUGGUAAGUCCCGCCAUAUAUGCGAACACCUUUGGUCCCCGUUGGUAGCUCCAACCGACACCAAUGCCACCCUUUUGUCCCGGUUGGAGCCACCAACCGGGACUAAAGGUCAAUUUUCAGCAGUCCAAAAGGGCGGGAAGAAGAGACCUUUAGUAUCGGUUGGUGGCUCCAACCGGGACGAAAGGGUGGUAUUGGUCCCGGUUGGAGGCACCAACCGGGACCAAAGUGUGGUGUUGCCCGGGUCUAAAUUUUUAGUCCCACCUCGCUUGCCGAGAGAGCUCGCGAGUGGUUUAUAAUCGCUGCUGCGCACAAUCUGUCGAGCUCCUCUCAACUGCAAGCUUUCGGACCUAAUCUGUCACUGCCUGUGGGCCUAUUGGGCCUUGUGUGGGCCUGAAUCCUGGCCCAACCAGGAGGAUGGGUUUCUAGUCGUAUUCACGCCGUUGUGGCCUAGUAGGUGGCAUUUUUUUUAAAUCUNNNNNNNNNNNNNNNNNNUUUACUUUUUCUUGUUCCUACUUAUUGUUUUUCGUUGAUUCUUUUUUGCUUUUAGGUCACAACAUUUCUCAAAAUGCACCAUUCAAAGCCACAUCAUCAAUUUUCAACAAAUUCUGACUUCAUUUGCUAUUUUUCAUGCAUUUACUGAUAUUUUGGACUAAAUGACCCUUAAAUUGGAAAGCACUACAAAUAAACUCUAAAAAGGUUGAAAGUUGGCAUGGUAUCAUCAUUUCACCGACAUAGGAUGUGCUAAAAAGUUGAGAGGGUUGCGCAAAAACUGGAUGCACUUUGUGUACAAAAUGGACAAUCUCUUUCGAAGUAUGAGGGUUUCAUACGAAAACUCAUCUGUUACAAAGGGAUUUCAUUUUAUUGAUAUUAUUUGAACUCCAUACUUUUUGUGUGUUCAAAAUGCACCAUUCAAAGCCACAUCAUCAAUUUUCAACAAUUUUUGACUUCAUUUGGUAUUUUUCAUAAAUUUAUUGUUUUUUUGAGCUAAAUGACCCUUAAAUUGAAAAGCACUACAAAUCACCUCUGAAAAGAUUGAAAAUUGGCAUAGUAUCAUCAUUUCACCCACAAAGCAUGUGCUAAAUAGUUGAGAGGGUUAUGGCAAAAACUGGAUGCACUUCGUGUACAAAACGGAGAAUCUCUUUCGAAGUAUCACAGAUUCACAUGAAAACUCAUCUAUUACAAAGGGAUUUCAUCUUUUUGAACUUAUUUGAACUCCAGACUUUUUGUGUGUUCAAAAUGCACCAUUUAAAGCCACAUCAUCAAUUUUGAACAAUUUAUGACUGCAUUUUGUAUUUUUCAUGCAUUUACUGAUUUUUUUGAGCUACAUGACCCUUAAAUUGAAAAGCAUUACAAAUGAACUCUGAAAAGGUUAAAAGUUUGCAUGGUUUCAUCAUUUCACCCACAUAGCAUGUGAUAAUAAGUUGAGAGGGUUACGGCAAAAACAGGAUGCACUUCGUGUACAAAACGAACAAUCUCUUUCGAACUAUCAAGGUUUCAUACGAAAACUCACCUAUUACAAAGGAAUUUCAUUUUUUGAACUUAUUUGAACUCCAUACUUUUUAUGUGUUAAAAUGCACCAUUCAAAGCCACAUCAUCAAUUUUCAAAAAAUUCUGACUUCAUAUGGUAUUUUACAUGCAUUUCCUUUUUUUUUGAGCUAAAUGACCAUGAAAUUGAAAAGCACUACAAAUGAACUAUGAAAAGGUUGAAAGGUGGUAUGGUAUGAUCAUUUCACCCACAUAGCAUGUGUUAAAAAGUUGAGAGGGUUACGGCAAAAACUGGAUGCACUUCAUGUAUAAAACAUACAAUCUCUUUCGAAAUAUCACAUUUUAAAUACGAAAACUCAUCCGUUACAAAGGGAUUUUAUUUUUUUGAACUUAUUUGAACUCCGGCCUUUUUGUGUGUUCAAAAUGCACAAUUCAGAGCCACAUCAUAAAUUUUCAAUAAUUUGUGACUUCAUUUGCUAUUUUUCAUGCAUUUAUUGAUUUUUUUAGCUAAAUGACCCUUAAAUUGGAAAGCACUACAAAUGAACUUUGAAAAGGUUGAAAGUUGGCAUGGUAUCAUCAUUCCACCCCACAUAGCAUGUGAUAAAAAGUUGAGAGGGUUACGGCAAAAACUGGAUGCACUUCAUAUACAAAACAGACAAUCUCCUUCGAAGUGUCAGGGUUUCAUACGAAAACUCAUUUGUUACAAAGGGAUUUCAUUUUUUUGAAUUCAUUUGAACUCCAGACUUUUUGUGUGUUCAAAAUGAACCAUUCAAAGCCACAUCAUCAAUUUUCAACAAUUUUUGAAUUCAUUUGGUAUUUUUCAUGCAUUUACUGAUUUUUUUGAGCAAAAUGACCCUUAAAUUGAAAAGCACUACAAAUGAACUCUGAAAAGGCUGAAAGUUGACAUGGUAUCAUCAUUUCACCUACAUAGCAUGUGCUAAAAAGUUGAGAGGGUUAUGACAAAAACUGGAGAACUUCGUGUAAAAAAUGGACAAUCUCUUUCGAAGUAUCACAGUUUCAUACGAAAAUUCUUCUGUUACAAAGGAAUUUUAUUUUGUUGAACUUAUUUGAAAUCCAGACUUUUUGUGUGUUCAAAAUGCACCAUUCAAAGCCAUAUCAUAAAAUUUCAACAAUUUCUGACAUCAUUUGGUAUUUUUUAUGCAUUACUGAUUUUUUUAGCUAAAUGACCAUGAAAUUGAAAAGCACUACAAAUGAACUCUCAAAAGUUUGAAAAUUGGCUUGGUAUCAUCAUUUCACCGACAUAGCAUGUGAUUAAAAGUUGAGAGGGUUACGAGAAAAACUGGAUGCACUUGGUCUACAAAACGAACAAUCUCUUUGGAAGUAUAAGGGUUUCAUACGAAAACUCAUCUAUUACAAAAGACAUUUCAUUACUUCACUUUUUCUUUGCUUGUGUUCUUUGAUUAUUGCGCCGUAACCAUGGAUAAUCAGUACUAGGAAAAAGCCUAGUAGUAGCGCGGGUUUAGUGCCUACUAGUAGCGCGGGUAAUCGCGCUACUAGUAAGGCGCUACAGCUAUUACUUACCAGCAGCGCGUGUAAGACGCGCUACUGCUAAGACAUAUAAGUGUCGUACAAGUGCUAUUGAUAAAACAAAUAUUAGUAGCGUUCUUCUAAACCCGCGCUACUAGUAAUCUGUUUUUCAUUAUUUUUAAUAUGUAGUGUAUUUAUACGUCGUUAUAUAAAUUUUGAUAGAGUACCAAUUAAGAGGUUGUUAUAUCAUUAUGUUCAUGAAGAAUUAUUAUAUCAUUGUGAUGAAUAAACCUGGAUUUUAUUCAUCUAAAUGAAUCAAAAGUGAUCAAAAGUUGAAUUAGUAGGACGACGAUCCUAGUAAUUCAACUUUUGGUCACUUUUGAUCCAUCCACAUGAAUCUAAUCCGCUUUCCUUCCCGCAAUGACAUAAUAACCAAUCAUGAUCAUAAUAACAAAUCUUCAUGAUAAUCAUGAUCAACAUCAUCAGCAUAUUAAUAUAAAAACUCUUGCAUCAUAUCAUCACUAACAACACUAUAGCGAAUAAUCAUCAUAGUCAUUACCACCAACACUAUUUAAUCAUCAUUUUCGUCAAUGAGACGUCAUAUAACAAGUUGGUGGCUAGUCAUAAUCACAACUCCUCCUCCUCCUCAUUAUCAACUAUAACACAUUUUAGCACAUAAUAACACAUUGUACCUAGGACCUACUCCUCUCUCAUAGUACCUACUCUACCCUCUCUUAGGUAGAAUAUCACAAAACAAGAUAGGCCCGGUCUCUCCAUUAUGGAGAAUGGAGAUCAUCCUGUCUCUAACUCUUACCCUACGCACAGUAUUGCUUCCAAGUAGCUCUCUACGAUUGGCCAUGCAUUUUUUCCAAUCUUUGAUUGUCAUUUCAUCGGUUAUAGAAACCCUGUAUGGACAGGAGUGAUGCAUAUACAUAGGCUACCUGGCCGUGCUGGCCGUAAGCUCAUAAUAUCAACACGACCUCUUGGAAACAUCACAUGAGGCACACAAUCCUUCUGGAUUUUCUGUUGAAAAACAUAGUAAUAACUUUGUAGCUAGCAAUGCAGUUUAGUUUUACAAGAAUUUAUGCAAAAGAUGCACGGAUGUCGUAAUAGUAGAAAAUAUUACCAUGCAAUCUCCAUGCAUGUUACCGUAGUUCACCACGUGCACUAUUGGCACGUAUUGACCAUAAUGUGGAGGAGUUUGCUGAUAGCUAUUGUAAUUCUCAAGAUCAUUAAUAAAUGCGACAAGAUGAUUUUUGUCCUGAUAAGUUAAUUCUGCUUCAUCAUUGUAGUGGUAGGUUCUGUCUACCAUCUCCCGUACAUUUUUUGAAGAAUGAAAAUAAGUUGUAAAUGGAAGUAAGUUGUCAACAAUUUUUAAAUAAACAAUAUAAAUUACUCAAUAAAUAUGGUUGAGAAACUCACAUAAUGGUGGAACUGGAGGCGUCUGCACAUCGACCCAGAUGUCGAUAUUACCUUCAAUUUCAUCUUCCAGACGAAUAUCAAAGGUGAUAAGCAUAUUAGGCUCAAGUGCAUAAGCCUUGCAUAGUGCUACCCAAUUUUUGCACUCAAAAAAGGAGUAGGUGUCUGCAUUGUACAACUUUACGGCAAAAGUAUAAUCAUACUCGAUCCUCAAGUGAACUCUCUUUACCUCCAUAGUUUUUUAGUACUGAAACCUAUCUUAUCCAAGACAUAAAUUCUUGCAUGGCAGGGGAUACGCUAGUAGAAUAGUAAAAAAUAAAAAUUAUAAAUUGAAGCAAAAGAAGUCAUGCUUAAUUAAGAAAAAAGACUUGUCAUUGUGACUUACUGUAUCCACUUCGAAGUCCUCAUCCAGCAUGAUGUUGAAGCGCUUAUCAUCAACUAGGUGAGGCACGUCGCACAAGCCGCGCUCGUCUUGACAGUAUUCGCACAUAGUGAAUUUCCUUUCGUCUUCAGACAUUUCCUAUGUUCAUAGUUGAAACAUUUAAAAUCGACCGAAAAGGCAACUACCAGGAAACUUAUAUGAAAGAUCACUAUUAAUUCUAAAACAGAUCACUAUUACACCAAGACAUCCUCUAUAUUAAGAAUGCAUCAUCAUCGACAUCAAUGACAUGGCCACUAGCACUUGCAUUUUCAUCAUCGACAUUUACAACACAUUAUCAUCUAUAUCAACAACAUGGGCAUUGCCGGCAAAACACACGCACUAGGAGGUGCUCCGUGCAAUAACAUACACACAUCAAAUAGAUGACAUAUAACUCAUCAUCAUCUUACUCAUUUAAUAACUCAUGAAAGUCAUACAAGGAGCAACGACAAACCGAAAGAUAACCGAUAUUAUCACUAAUACAUCUCGAAUAUUAUCAUACAAUAUCACAAAUAAAAAUUCAGUUGACGUCUCACGGUGCAGGCGGUGGCAACCGAAAGAUAAGGAACCAUCACCGGAUCAUAGCUCAGGUGAUGUCCCUGGAGAACCUGCCAGGUAUUGGAGAACCUGGCAUCCAACGCAGCCAUGUAGAGACAUACAUGCUCGUCCUCCUCCCUAACACGGCGACGUAACAACUCCGUGGGGCCCGGCUCCCUCGGCACCGAUAAAGGCCCACGCGACUGCCACCAAAGAAGCUCCGGGUCAACGAUGAGACCCGGAUUCCUCACAAAGGUGCGCCCCCCGGAAGGUAGCACCUCCUAGUGCCAGCCCAACGGAGCCUAGUCCCGCACAUGCUGGCGCCUAUCAAGCAGGUGGUCUCCAUCGAGUUGACGACGAGGAUGCGGAAUGGGCAUCGUCGAUGUUAAGACAAAUUCCUCUGAGAAAAUUUUCUUAUUGUUUAAUGUUUUACUUUCUAAUUCUCAUUUAUACAAUAAUCAUCUCAUUUGAAUUCAGCUAGCGCCCACUACCAAAUAUACAAUAAUAAAACACAAUAUAUAUAUUAUGCAAAUAUUUCCGCAACAACAUUGAGGGCCUGAGAAAAUAAAAUGAAUAAUGACAUAAAAUGGCCUAUGUUUUGCAGGAACGUUGAUUCAUUCCUAGUGCGGAAAAUCCCGGACACUCGAUAUAUCGUAGUUUGUAGCACAAGUCAUGUCAAAAUUCACGAAAAAAUUCGAAUGACCUUUGUUAAAAGUGAAAAAAUUGAGCAGCUGCAAUUUGCCGGAACAAAAAUGAAUCAACAUUUCCGGCAUAACAUAGGCCGCUCGGCUUCAUUCCCUGUAAACAACAAAAGGCUCCCUCUCUCACUAAGUAUACACCUAAGUAAAUUCUAUGUUAACCUACUGCCCUAACUAACAACAUGACCUUAUGCCCUAACUAACAACAUGACCUUAUGCCCUAACUAACAACAUAACCUAAUUAACCUAUUUAACCUAGAACCCUUGAACUCUAUAACCCUAGAACAUAACGUAACUAACAUUUGCUAAUUUGUUAAUUGUACUAACCAAUUUAACCUAGAACCCUAGAACAUAACCUACCUAACAUUUGCUAAUCAGUUAAUUGUACUAACCUAUCACUAGUAGAAAACGGGCCUUUGGCCUGGACCAUUUAGUCCCGGCCUGCCUCUGGGUCGGGACUAAAGGCCCGGCCACGUCGCCCCAAUUCUCAAUGCCUCCCUCGAGGCUUUAGUCCCGGCCCGUAAGGAGCCUGUAGUCUCGGUUCGAGUCACAAAGCGGGACUAAAGGGCUACGCGGCGGGCAGUGGUGGUGGCAACCGUUCGUAUACCUCUUUAGUCCCCGUUGGUGGCUCAACCCGGGACUAAAGGACUAACACGUGGCCUGCCGUGGUGGUGGCGACCGUUGGUAUACCUCUUUAGUCCCGGUUGGUGGCUCAACCCGGGACUAAAGGACUAACACGUGGCCUAACGUAGUGGGGCGACUGUUGGCAUACCUCUUUAGUCCCGGUUGGUGGUUGAACCCGGGACUAAAAGCCUAACACGUGGCCUGCCGUAGUGGUGGCAACCAUUUGGUAUACCUCUUUAGUCCCGGUUGGUGGCUCAAACCGGGAUUAAAGGCCCAAAUGGUUUGCAUCCCGCGUCGUUUCGGGAGAUGAAAAGCACGAACCGAAGCGUACAGUCGCCAUUUCUCUGUUCUUCUUCUCUCUCACGUCGCCCUCUCUAUUCUUCUCCUCUCUCGCGUCGCCCUCUCUGUUCUUCUCCUCUCUUCUUCCCUUCUCUUGUUCCACCAUGCCAACUACCUUUCAUGAGGUGGUCGCGCAUGGGACGACCAAGCUCCGUGUCGUGUACACGAACCUGAGCACGGAGGUGCCGUUUUUCCUUCAACAGUUGAAGGAACGAUGGUUUAACCAUGCACCAGAUCAUGAGAAGUUCUUCGGGCUUGAUCUGAAGUACACGGCCGAUCAACGCGGUGUUGCCGUCAUCCAAAUAUGCUUCGCAAGCCAUGUCUUGAUCUUCCAAUGGGGGAGGUAAGUUUUGAGGCUUUCUUUGAUCCAAGAUAAUACAUUGUAUAAGUUUAUUUGUUUCUAUCAUAGUUGGUUCCCUUCAAAUAGUUGUAGUGAAACAAUUUUGAUUACUUGAAGGGGAGCACAAUCUAAUUGGAAUAGUGUUCCAUAAUCUGAAAAAUCGUAUUAGAAUAAACUAGUGUUUAAUAUGUUCCAUUGGAAUCAUAGUUGGUUCCCUUCAAAUAGUUGUAGUGAAACAAUUUUGAUUAGUUGAAGGGGAGCACAAUCUAAUUGGAAUAGUGUUCCAUAAUCUGAAAAAUCGUAUUAGAAUCAACUAGUGUUUAAUAUGUUCCAUUGGAAUCAUAGUUGGUUCCCUUGAAAUAGUUGUAGUGAAACAAUUUUGAUUACUUGAAGGGGAGCACAAUCUGAUUGGAAUAAUCUUCCAUAAUCUGAAAAAUCGUAUUAGAAUCAACUAGUGUUUAAUAUGUUCCAUUGGAAUCAUAGUUGGUUCCCUUCAAAUAGUUGUAGUGAAACAAUUUUGAUUAGUUGAAGGGGAACACAAUCUGAUUGGAAUAGUGUUUCAUAAUCUGAAAAAUCGUAUUAGAAUGAACUAGUGUUUAAUAUGUUCCACUGGAAUCAUAGUUGGUUCGCUUCAAAUAGUUGUAGUGAAACAAUUUUGAUUAGUUGAAGGGGAACACAAUCUGAUUGGAAUAGUGUUCCAUAAUCUAAAAAAUCGUAUUAGAAUGAACUAGUGUUUAAUAUGUUCCAUUGGAACCAUAGUUGGUUCGCUUCAAAUAGUUGUAGUGAUCUCUCUAGGUUCCAUUGCAUAUGUUCUAUUUGAAUCCAAAAGAUAAGUUUCUCUUUAGUUGUAGUGAAACAUGUUUCCUUAUUGCAGCAGUAUGUAACAUUUGUUCCAUUCUAAUUUGUUUCUGUUGCAGGAGUGACAAGCAUUGUCCUGGACUCAUGGAGUUCCUUCGCAGCGGCGUCACUUUUGCUUCCGUUGACAUAUGGAACGACAGGCUGAAGAUGAGGCACAACUUCGGUAUUGAGAUACGAGCUGGUUGCCUCGUUGAUCUCCAAACGAUAUUCAGGCUUCGACAUGAGAGGACUUCGAUGGCUCAUAUGGCAGUUGCCUUGAUCGACGAUUCAUAUGGUGAUAUGAAGACCAGUUUCCCAAAGUCUCAGCACAGACUUUGGGAGAAGGGCCCACUUGAUGAUAUCAACAUUCAGUAUGCAGCAAAAGAUGCAUACGUUUCAUACGAGUUGUACCGCAAGAUUCGAGUCGUCAACUAUGGCCAGCGUCACCUCGAGGAAGGUGGGCAUUCUGAUUCAGAUGAUUCAGACGAGUAGUGUUCUUAACGUCGAACACUUGUAUAUAUAUAUCUAUGGUAGCUAUUAUUAUGUACUGUUUGGGCUAGUAUCAUGUACUUCUUGGACCAAUUUACAUAUGUCUAGUUUCUGUUUGUGCCAUUAUAGUUUCCCAAUUUGAAUGGUUUAGCCCUUUCUAACUUCGUUUGCUACUUUUGAAUGGUUUAGCCCUUUCUAACUUCAUGGUAUCAUGCAUUUCGACCACAUAUAUAUACAAAAAGUCUUUAGUUCAAAUAAGUUCAAAUAAGUUCAUGCAUUUCAACAUUUUCAGAGUUCAUUUGUAGUGCUUUUCAAUUUCAGGGUCAACUAGCUCAAAAAAAAUAAGUAAAUGCACGAAAUAUACCAAAUGAAGUCAGAAAUUGUUGAAAUUUUGUGAUGUGCCUUUGAAUGGUGCAUUUUGAACACACAAAAAGUAUGGAGUUCAAAUAAGUNUUUAAAAAAAUGAAAUCCUUUUGUAAGAGAUGAGUUCUCGUUCGAAACCCUGCUACUUCGAGAGAGAUUGUCAGUUUUGUACACGAACUGCAUCCAGUUUUUGUCGUAGCCUUCUCAACUUUUUAACACAUGCUAUGUGGGUGAAAUGACGAUAGCAUGCCAACUUUCAACAUUUUCAGAGUUCAUUUGUAGUGCUUUUCAAUUUCAGGGUCAACUAGCUNNNNNNNNNNNNNNNNNNNNNNNNNNNNNNNNNNNNNNNNNNNNNNNNNNNNNNNNNNNNNNNNNNNNNNNNNNNNNNNNNNNNNNNNNNNNNNNNNNNNUCUUUCAUAUUAUCCUUUCUUUAAUUUCCCCAACAUUGACAUAAUUAGCCCAUUUAGCUCCAAAAUGCCAUAAUAAGCUCAGAAUGGCAUAAGAACCUUGGUGAGCUCAUGAAUAUUAUAUACUUAGCUUGUUUUCCUGUAAAAUGGGAUAAUUAGCCCAUUUAGCUCCAAAAAGACAUAAUUAGGUAAUUUAGCUCCANNNNNNNNNNNNNNNNNNNNNNNNNNNNNNNNNNNNNNNNNNNNNNNNNNNNNNNNNNNNNNNNNNNNNNNNNNNNNNNNNNNNNNNNNNNNNNNNNNNNNNNUCCUUCUCCUCCUUCUUGAUUUCUUCUUCUUCUCCUCCGCCUCCUAUUUCUUCUCCUAUUUCAUAUUAUCCUUGCUUUAAUUUCCCCAACAAUGACAUAAUUAGCCCAUUUAGCUCCAAAAUACCGUAAUAAGCUCAAAAUAGCAUAAGAACCUUGGUUAGCUCAUGAAUAUUAUAUACUUAGCUUGUUUUCCUCUAAAAUGGGAUAAUUAACCCAUUUAGCUCCAAAAAGACAUAAUUAGGUAAUUUAGCUCCAACAAUAAAUAGGAAAAAUGAAAAGAAAGAAAGANNNNNNNNNNNNNNNNNNNNNNNNNNNNNNNNNNNNNNNNNNNNNNNNNNNNNNNNNNNNNNNNNNNNNNNNNNNNNNNNNNNNNNNNNNNNNNNNNNNNNNNNNNNNNNNNNNNNNNNNNNNCCCCAACAAUGACAUAAUUAACCCAUUUAGCUCCAAAAUGCCAUAAUAAGCUAAAAAUGGCAUAAGAACCUUGGUUAGCUCAUGAAUAUUAUAUUCUUAGCUUGUUUUCCGCUAGAAAUGACAUAAUUACCUCAAAACAUCAUAUUUUGUUCUUUUUCUGACUUUCUUAUUCACANNNNNNNNNNNNNNNNNNNNNNNNNNNNNNNNNNNNNNNNNNNNNNNNNNNNNNNNNNNNNNNNNNNNNNNNNNNNNNNNNNNNNNNNNNNNNNNNNNNNUGAAAAGUGUUUCAAAUUGAAUAAAUAAUGCAAAACUAUUUUUUAUUUUCAUAAUUAAUAAUUUUGACUAUCCAAACUAUUAUCUAUUUUGUUAUUUUCAAUUAAAAACUAUGUUUAUUAAAAAUUCUUUUUGCAUAUUUGAGAAUUUAACAAAACUAUGAUAAUGAAAAGUGUUUCAAAUUGAAUAAAUAAUGCAAAACUAUUUUUAUUUUCAUAAUUAAUAAUUUUGACUAUCCAAACUAUUAUCUAUUUUGUUAUUUUGACUUCAUUUGGUAUAUUUCGUGCAUGUACUUAUUUUUUUUGAGCUAGUUGACCCUGAAAUUGAAAAGCACUACAAAUGAACCACUACUGAAAUUCAGAAAUUUGCCGUCUGCCAAGGCGGACGGCAAAGGGGGCAACCAUGGACGGCAAAGGCUUUGCCGUCUGCCCCCUCAUGGCAAAGUAGAUGGUAAAAAAAAUCCGGUGAAGAGGCUCUUUGCCGUCUGCUUUCACAAAGCGGACGGCAAAGAAUCUUUGCCAUGAGGGGGAAGACGGCAAAAUAAGUGGGACGGCAUAUAUUGCAACGUCCCCGUUAAGUGUUAACGGCAGGCCUCCUCUCUUUGCCGUCUGCCUCCCCCCCUUUGCCAUGUGGGGGUAAACGGCAAAGAGGGAGAGAGAGGGGGCAGAUUCUCUCUUUGCCGUCUGCCUCCCCCCCUUUGCCAUGUGGGGGCAGACGGCAAAAAGGGGAGAGAGAGGGGGCAGAUUCUCUCUUUGCCGUCUGCCUCCCCCCCUUUGCCAUGUGGGGGCAGACGGGGGGGGGGGGAGAGAGAGGGGGCAGAUUCUCUCUUUGCCGUCUGCCUCCCCCCCUUUGCCAUGUGGGGGCAGACGGCAAAGAGGGGAGAGAGAGGGGGCAGAUUCUCUCUUUGCCGUCUGCCUCCCCCCCUUUGCCAUGUGGGGGCAGACGGCAAAGAGGGGAGAGAGAAGGGGCAGAUUCUCUCUUUGCCGUCUGCCUCCCCCCUUUGCCAUGUGGGGGCAGACGGCAAAGAGGGGAGAGAGAGGGGGCAGAUUCCCCCUUUGCCGUCUGCCUCCACCCCUUUGCCAUGUGUUGGCAGACGGCAAAGAGGGGAACCAUCCCCUUUUUUAUUUAUUUUUUGUUAUAUCCAGCAUUUUUAACAAUAAUCAGGAUAUAUAUAUAUAUUUGACAUAAAUAAAUUUCUUUUCGUACCCAUAACCAUAUUAAAAUAACUCUCAUCCAUAGUGCAUACAUAUUAUGGAAGUUACAUUCGUACCAAACCUAAUAUUACACCAGUUUCAUCCACGUGCAUACAAAGUUUCAUAUAUUCAUAUACUACAACAGNNNNNNNNNNNNNNNNNNNNNNNNNNNNNNNNNNNNNNNNNNNNNNNNNNNNNNNNNNNNNNNNNNNNNNNNNNNNNNNNNNNNNNNNNNNNNNNNNNNNAAAUGUUGAAAGUUGGCAUGCUAUCAUCAUUUCACCCACAUAGCAUGUGUUAAAAAGUUGAGAGGGCUACAACGAAAACUUGAUGCAGUUCGUUUACAAAAUUAACAAUCUCUCUCGAAGUAGCAGGGUUUCGAACGAGAACUCAUCUCUUACAAAGGGAUUUCAUUUUUUUAAACUUAUUUGAACUCCAUACUUUUUGUGUGUUAAAAAUGCACCAUUCAAAGGCACAUCACAAAAUUUCAACAAUUUCUGACUUCAUUUGGUAUAUUUCGUNGUGCAUUUACUUAAUUUUUUUGAGCUAGUUGACCCUGAAAUUGAAAAGCACUACAAAUGAACUCUGAAAAUGUUGAAAGUUGGCAUGCUGUCAUCAUUUCACCCACAUAGCAUGUGUUAAAAAGUUGAGAGGGCUAUGAAAAAAACUGGAUGCAGUUCAUGUACAAAACUGACAAUCCCUCUGGAAGUAGCUGGGUUUCGAACGAGAACUCAUCUCUUACAAAGGGAUUUCAUUUUUUUAAACUUAUUUGAACUCCAUACUUNNNNNNNNNNNNNNNNNNNNNNNNNNNNNNNNNNNNNNNNNNNNNNNNNNNNNNNNNNNNNNNNNNNNNNNNNNNNNNNNNNNNNNNNNNNNNNNNNNNNGUUGGAAAUAUGCCCUAGAGGCAAUAUACUAAAUUUCUUAUUAUUAUAUUUCCUUGUUCAUGAUAAUCGUUUAUUAUCCAUGCUAGAAUUGUAUUGAUUGGAAGCUCAAAUACAUGUGUGGAUACGUAGACAACACACUGUCCCUAAUGAGCCUUUAAGUACUAGCUCGUUGAUCGAAGAUGGUCAAGGAUUCCUGACCAUAGACACGAGUUAUCAUUUGAUAAGAGGAUCACAUCAUUAGGAGAAUGAUGUGAUGGACAAGAUACAAACUAUAAACUUAACAUACGAUCGUGUUAGUUUAUUGCUACUGUUUUCUGCAUGUCAACUAUCUGUUUCUAUGACCAUGAGAUCAUGCAACUAUCAGGCACCGGAGGAAUGCCUUGUGUGUAUCAAACGUAACAACGUAAUUGGGUGACUAUAAAAGUGCUCUAAUGGUAUCUCUGAAGGUGUAUGUUGGGUUGGCAUGAAUUGAGACUUUGAUUUGUCACUCCGUAUGACGAAGAGGUAUCUCUAGAGCCUACUCGGUAAUGAAAAAUCACAAUGAGCUUGCAAGUAAUGUGACUAAAGAGUUAGUCACGGCAUCUUGUAUUACGGAAUGAGUAAAGACACUUGCCGAUAACGAGAUUGAACUAGGUAUGGAGAUACCGACGAUCGAAUCUCGGGAAAGUAACAUACCGAUGGACAAAGGGAACAAUAUACGAGAUUGAUUGAAUCCUUGACAUCGUGGUUCGACCGAUAAGGAUCUUUGUACAAUAUGUAGGAGCCAAUAUGGGCAUCCAUGUCCCGCUAUUGGUUAUUUACCAGCGAGUGUCUCAGGUCAUGUGUGCAUAGUUCUUGAACAUGCAGGACCUGCACACUUAAAGUUUGGCGACGUUUUAGUAUAGUUGAGUUAUGUAUGUUGGUGACCGAAGGUUGUUCGGAGUCCCGGAUGAGAUCCCGGACGUCACCAGGAGCUCUUGAAUGGUCCGGAUGUAAAGAUUGAUACAUGGGAAGUUCUGUGUUGGUCACUAGAGAAAGUUCGAGCGUCAUCGAUGGCGUACCGGGGGUGCCGGAAGGUUUCCGGGGGUCCACCAGCCCGGAGGGUCCACACGGGCUGUGAGGGAUGCACACCAGCCCCUGCUGGACUUGGUGCACAUCCCCGCCUAAGGCCCAUGUGGCUGGGCUGGUGGAGGGCCAACCCUAUAGGGGCGCGCCACCCUAACGUUGGGGGGGGGGGGGGGGCAAGCCACCCCUAGGGCAGAUGCCCCUUCCUCCUUUGGCCGCUGCCCCUCCCUCCUUUGGCCGCCGCCCCCUAGGGUUGAAUCCCUAGGGCGGAGCCCCUCUCCCCUUCCCCCUAUAUAUAUAGAUGGGGAGAGAGAGGGCUCCAACACACCAAGGCCACGACGCAGCCCUGUCUCUCCCACAUAUCAGUUUUCUCCUCUAGAUUGGUUCCGGUAUUGCUUGGCGAAGCCUUGNNNNNNNNNNNNNNNNNNNNNNNNNNNNNNNNNNNNNNNNNNNNNNNNNNNNNNNNNNNNNNNNNNNNNNNNNNNNNNNNNNNNNNNNNNNNNNNNNNNNCUCUCUCUCUCUCUCUCUCUCUCUCUCUCUCUCUCUCUUCUUCUUCUUCUCUCCUCCUCCUCCUCUUCUUCUUCUCUCUUCUUCUUCUUCUUCUCCUGCUUUUUUUCCUUCUGCUUUUYYUCUUCUAACCUAACUAACUAACCUAAUUAGCCUAAUAAUCUAACCAAAUAAACUAACUAAAUUACCCUAUAUAUAAUAAAAAACUAACCUAAUAAACUAACUAAAGUAAUUAACUUUUUUAAAAAGAAAAACAGGAAAAACUCACCGGCAGGGGGCGGCGGCGGCAGGGGGCGCGCGGCUGGGGGCUCGCCGCAGGGGGGCGKCGGCGGCAGGGGGCGGCGACGGCAGGGGGCGCAAUGCAGGUGGMGCGSGCGCGCGGCAGGGGGCGGCGGCGGCAGGGGGCGCGCCGCAGGGGAGGUGCUCACCGUGGGGGUGGGUCGCCGCGGGGAGGGGAUCCCACGGGGAGGGGUCNCCGGGGGGGGGUGGCUCGCCGCGGGGAGGGGAUCUCGCGGGGAGGGGUCGCCGCCGUGGAGAGAGAGAGUGGUCGGGGUGAGAGAGAGAGAGAGACAGUGAGCGAGGGGGUAACGGCCGUUAUAGGGCGGCCCCUUUGCCGUCCGCCCCCCGACGGCAAAGGGCCGUAUGGCAGACGGCAAAGGCCCGCGGACGGCAAAGGCCGCCGGAUUUCGGACACGGCAGGCAUGGGACCCACGCGUCCCCUUUGCCGUCUGCCCUGGGGCUCUUUGCCGUCUGCUGGCAGACGGCAAAGGACCCACACAUGGAAAAUAGUAUUUUUGCCAUGUGUCAGUUCUUUGUCGUCUGUAUUGUGUCAACUGAUGGCAAAGAGGUUCUUUGCCGUCAGCCAGCAGACGGUAAAGAACUGGCUGACGGCAAAUUUCUGGAUUCCAGUAGUGAACUCUGAAAAUGUUGAAAGUUGGCAUGCUAUCAUCAAUUCACCCACAUAGCAUGUGUUAAAAAGUUGAGAGGGAUACGACCAAAACUGGAUGCUGUUCGUGUACAAAACUGACAAUCUCUCUCGAAGUAGCAGGGUUUCGAAAGAGAACUCAUCUCUUACAAAGGGAUUUCAUUUUUUUAAACUUAUUUGAACUCCAUACUUUUUAUCUGUUCAAAAUGCACCAUUCAAAGGCACAUCACAAAAUUCCAACAAUUUCUGACUUCAUUUCGUAUAUUUCGUGCAUUUACUUAUUUUUUUGAGCUAGUUGACCCUGAAAUUGAAAAGCACUACAAAUGAACUCUGAAAAUGUUGAAAGUUGGCAUGCUAUCAUCAUUUCACCCACAUAGCAUGUGUUAAAAAGUUGAGAGGGCUACGAGAAAAACUGGAUGUAGUUCGUGUACAAAACUGACAAUCUCUCUCGAAGUAGCAGGGUUUCGAACGAGAACUCAUCUCUUACAAAGGGAUUUCAUUUUUUAAAACUUAUUUGAACUCCAUACUUUUUGUGUGUUCAAAAUGCACCAUUCAAAGGCACAUCAUCAAUUUUCAACAAUUUUUGACUUCAUUUGGUAUUUUUCAUAAAUUUAUUGUUUUUUUGAGCUAAAUGACCCUUAAAUUGAAAAGCACUACAAAUCACCUCUGAAAAGAUUGAAAAUUGGCAUAGUAUCAUCAUUUCACCCACAAAGCAUGUGCUAAAUAGUUGAGAGGGUUAUGGCAAAACUAGGAUGCACUUCGUGUACAAAACGGAGAAUCUCUUUCGAAGUAUCACAGAUUCACAUGAAAACUCAUCUAUUACAAAGGGAUUUCAUCUUUUUGAACUUAUUUGAACUCCAGACUUUUUGUGUGUUCAAAAUGCACCAUUUAAAGCCACAUCAUCAAUUUUGAACAAUUUAUGACUGCAUUUUGUAUUUUUCAUGCAUUUACUGAUUUUUUUGAGCUACAUGACCCUUAAAUUGAAAAGCAUUACAAAUGAACUCUGAAAAGGUUAAAAGUUUGCAUGGUUUCAUCAUUUCACCCACAUAGCAUGUGAUAAUAAGUUGAGAGGGUUACGGCAAAAACAGGAUGCACUUCGUGUACAAAACGAACAAUCUCUUUCGAACUAUCAAGGUUUCAUACGAAAACUCACCUAUUACAAAGGAAUUUCAUUUUUUGAACUUAUUUGAACUCCAUACUUUUUAUGUGUUAAAAUGCACCAUUCAAAGCCACAUCAUCAAUUUUCAAAAAAUUCUGACUUCAUAUGGUAUUUUACAUGCAUUUCCUUUUUUUUUGAGCUAAAUGACCAUGAAAUUGAAAAGCACUACAAAUGAACUAUGAAAAGGUUGAAAGGUGGUAUGGUAUGAUCAUUUCACCCACAUAGCAUGUGUUAAAAAGUUGAGAGGGUUACGGCAAAAACUGGAUGCACUUCAUGUAUAAAACAUACAAUCUCUUUCGAAAUAUCACAUUUUAAAUACGAAAACUCAUCCGUUACAAAGGGAUUUUAUUUUUUUGAACUUAUUUGAACUCCGGCCUUUUUGUGUGUUCAAAAUGCACAAUUCAGAGCCACAUCAUAAAUUUUCAAUAAUUUGUGACUUCAUUUGCUAUUUUUCAUGCAUUUAUUGAUUUUUUUAGCUAAAUGACCCUUAAAUUGGAAAGCACUACAAAUGAACUUUGAAAAGGUUGAAAGUUGGCAUGGUAUCAUCAUUCCACCCCACAUAGCAUGUGAUAAAAAGUUGAGAGGGUUACGGCAAAAACUGGAUGCACUUCAUAUACAAAACAGACAAUCUCCUUCGAAGUGUCAGGGUUUCAUACGAAAACUCAUUUGUUACAAAGGGAUUUCAUUUUUUUGAAUUCAUUUGAACUCCAGACUUUUUGUGUGUUCAAAAUGAACCAUUCAAAGCCACAUCAUCAAUUUUCAACAAUUUUUGAAUUCAUUUGGUAUUUUUCUAUGCAUUUACUGAUUUUUUUGUAGCAAAAUGACCCUUAAAUUGAAAAGCACUACAAAUGAACUCUGAAAAGGCUGAAAGUUGACAUGGUAUCAUCAUUUCACCUACAUAGCAUGUGCUAAAAAGUUGAGAGGGUUAUGACAAAAACUGGAGAACUUCGUGUAAAAAAUGGACAAUCUCUUUCGAAGUAUCACAGUUUCAUACGAAAAUUCUUCUGUUACAAAGGAAUUUUAUUUUGUUGAACUUAUUUGAAAUCCAGACUUUUUGUGUGUUCAAAAUGCACCAUUCAAAGCCAUAUCAUAAAAUUUCAACAAUUUCUGACAUCAUUUGGUAUUUUUUAUGCAUUACUGAUUUUUUUAGCUAAAUGACCAUGAAAUUGAAAAGCACUACAAAUGAACUCUCAAAAGUUUGAAAAUUGGCUUGGUAUCAUCAUUUCACCGACAUAGCAUGUGAUUAAAAGUUGAGAGGGUUACGAGAAAAACUGGAUGCACUUGGUCUACAAAACGAACAAUCUCUUUGGAAGUAUAAGGGUUUCAUACGAAAACUCAUCUAUUACAAAAGACAUUUCAUUACUUCACUUUUUCUUUGCUUGUGUUCUUUGAUUAUUGCGCCGUAACCAUGGAUAAUCAGUACUAGGAAAAAGCCUAGUAGUAGCGCGGGUUUAGUGCCUACUAGUAGCGCGGGUAAUCGCGCUACUAGUAAGGCGCUACAGCUAUUACUUACCAGCAGCGCGUGUAAGACGCGCUACUGCUAAGACAUAUAAGUGUCGUACAAGUGCUAUUGAUAAAACAAUAUUAGUAGCGUUCUUCUAAACCCGCGCUACUAGUAAUCUGUUUUUCAUUAUUUUUAAUAUGUAGUGUAUUUAUACGUCGUUAUAUAAAUUUUGAUAGAGUACCAAUUAAGAGGUUGUUAUAUCAUUAUGUUCAUGAAGAAUUAUUAUAUCAUUGUGAUGAAUAAACCUGGAUUUUAUUCAUCUAAAUGAAUCAAAAGUGAUCAAAAGUUGAAUUAGUAGGACGACGAUCCUAGUAAUUCAACUUUUGGUCACUUUUGAUCCAUCCACAUGAAUCUAAUCCGCUUUCCUUCCCGCAAUGACAUAAUAACCAAUCAUGAUCAUAAUAACAAAUCUUCAUGAUAAUCAUGAUCAACAUCAUCAGCAUAUUAAUAUAAAAACUCUUGCAUCAUAUCAUCACUAACAACACUAUAGCGAAUAAUCAUCAUAGUCAUUACCACCAACACUAUUUAAUCAUCAUUUUCGUCAAUGAGACGUCAUAUAACAAGUUGGUGGCUAGUCAUAAUCACAACUCCUCCUCCUCCUCAUUAUCAACUAUAACACAUUUUAGCACAUAAUAACACAUUGUACCUAGGACCUACUCCUCUCUCAUAGUACCUACUCUACCCUCUCUUAGGUAGAAUAUCACAAAACAAGAUAGGCCCGGUCUCUCCAUUAUGGAGAAUGGAGAUCAUCCUGUCUCUAACUCUUACCCUACGCACAGUAUUGCUUCCAAGUAGCUCUCUACGAUUGGCCAUGCAUUUUUUCCAAUCUUUGAUUGUCAUUUCAUCGGUUAUAGAAACCCUGUAUGGACAGGAGUGAUGCAUAUACAUAGGCUACCUGGCCGUGCUGGCCGUAAGCUCAUAAUAUCAACACGACCUCUUGGAAACAUCACAUGAGGCACACAAUCCUUCUGGAUUUUCUGUUGAAAAACAUAGUAAUAACUUUGUAGCUAGCAAUGCAGUUUAGUUUUACAAGAAUUUAUGCAAAAGAUGCACGGAUGUCGUAAUAGUAGAAAAUAUUACCAUGCAAUCUCCAUGCAUGUUACCGUAGUUCACCACGUGCACUAUUGGCACGUAUUGACCAUAAUGUGGAGGAGUUUGCUGAUAGCUAUUGUAAUUCUCAAGAUCAUUAAUAAAUGCGACAAGAUGAUUUUUGUCCUGAUAAGUUAAUUCUGCUUCAUCAUUGUAGUGGUAGGUUCUGUCUACCAUCUCCCGUACAUUUUUUGAAGAAUGAAAAUAAGUUGUAAAUGGAAGUAAGUUGUCAACAAUUUUUAAAUAAACAAUAUAAAUUACUCAAUAAAUAUGGUUGAGAAACUCACAUAAUGGUGGAACUGGAGGCGUCUGCACAUCGACCCAGAUGUCGAUAUUACCUUCAAUUUCAUCUUCCAGACGAAUAUCAAAGGUGAUAAGCAUAUUAGGCUCAAGUGCAUAAGCCUUGCAUAGUGCUACCCAAUUUUUGCACUCAAAAAAGGAGUAGGUGUCUGCAUUGUACAACUUUACGGCAAAAGUAUAAUCAUACUCGAUCCUCAAGUGAACUCUCUUUACCUCCAUAGUUUUUUAGUACUGAAACCUAUCUUAUCCAAGACAUAAAUUCUUGCAUGGCAGGGGAUACGCUAGUAGAAUAGUAAAAAAUAAAAUUAUAAAUUGAAGCAAAAGAAGUCAUGCUUAAUUAAGAAAAAAGACUUGUCAUUGUGACUUACUGUAUCCACUUCGAAGUCCUCAUCCAGCAUGAUGUUGAAGCGCUUAUCAUCAACUAGGUGAGGCACGUCGCACAAGCCGCGCUCGUCUUGACAGUAUUCGCACAUAGUGAAUUUCCUUUCGUCUUCAGACAUUUCCUAUGUUCAUAGUUGAAACAUUUAAAAUCGACCGAAAAGGCAACUACCAGGAAACUUAUAUGAAAGAUCACUAUUAAUUCUAAAACAGAUCACUAUUACACCAAGACAUCCUCUAUAUUAAGAAUGCAUCAUCAUCGACAUCAAUGACAUGGCCACUAGCACUUGCAUUUUCAUCAUCGACAUUUACAACACAUUAUCAUCUAUAUCAACAACAUGGGCAUUGCCGGCAAAACACACGCACUAGGAGGUGCUCCGUGCAAUAACAUACACACAUCAAAUAGAUGACAUAUAACUCAUCAUCAUCUUACUCAUUUAAUAACUCAUGAAAGUCAUACAAGGAGCAACGACAAACCGAAAGAUAACCGAUAUUAUCACUAAUACAUCUCGAAUAUUAUCAUACAAUAUCACAAAUAAAAAUUCAGUUGACGUCUCACGGUGCAGGCGGUGGCAACCGAAAGAUAAGGAACCAUCACCGGAUCAUAGCUCAGGUGAUGUCCCUGGAGAACCUGCCAGGUAUUGGAGAACCUGGCAUCCAACGCAGCCAUGUAGAGACAUACAUGCUCGUCCUCCUCCCUAACACGGCGACGUAACAACUCCGUGGGGCCCGGCUCCCUCGGCACCGAUAAAGGCCCACGCGACUGCCACCAAAGAAGCUCCGGGUCAACGAUGAGACCCGGAUUCCUCACAAAGGUGCGCCCCCCGGAAGGUAGCACCUCCUAGUGCCAGCCCAACGGAGCCUAGUCCCGCACAUGCUGGCGCCUAUCAAGCAGGUGGUCUCCAUCGAGUUGACGACGAGGAUGCGGAAUGGGCAUCGUCGAUGUUAAGACAAAUUCCUCUGAGAAAAUUUUCUUAUUGUUUAAUGUUUUACUUUCUAAUUCUCAUUUAUACAAUAAUCAUCUCAUUUGAAUUCAGCUAGCGCCCACUACCAAAUAUACAAUAAUAAAACACAAUAUAUAUAUUAUGCAAAUAUUUCCGCAACAACAUUGAGGGCCUGAGAAAAUAAAAUGAAUAAUGACAUAAAAUGGCCUAUGUUUUGCAGGAACGUUGAUUCAUUCCUAGUGCGGAAAAUCCCGGACACUCGAUAUAUCGUAGUUUGUAGCACAAGUCAUGUCAAAAUUCACGAAAAAAUUCGAAUGACCUUUGUUAAAAGUGAAAAAAUUGAGCAGCUGCAAUUUGCCGGAACAAAAAUGAAUCAACAUUUCCGGCAUAACAUAGGCCGCUCGGCUUCAUUCCCUGUAAACAACAAAAGGCUCCCUCUCUCACUAAGUAUACACCUAAGUAAAUUCUAUGUUAACCUACUGCCCUAACUAACAACAUGACCUUAUGCCCUAACUAACAACAUGACCUUAUGCCCUAACUAACAACAUAACCUAAUUAACCUAUUUAACCUAGAACCCUUGAACUCUAUAACCCUAGAACAUAACGUAACUAACAUUUGCUAAUUUGUUAAUUGUACUAACCAAUUUAACCUAGAACCCUAGAACAUAACCUACCUAACAUUUGCUAAUCAGUUAAUUGUACUAACCUAUCACUAGUAGAAAACGGGCCUUUGGCCUGGACCAUUUAGUCCCGGCCUGCCUCUGGGUCGGGACUAAAGGCCCGGCCACGUCGCCCCAAUUCUCAAUGCCUCCCUCGAGGCUUUAGUCCCGGCCCGUAAGGAGCCUGUAGUCUCGGUUCGAGUCACAAAGCGGGACUAAAGGGCUACGCGGCGGGCAGUGGUGGUGGCAACCGUUCGUAUACCUCUUUAGUCCCCGUUGGUGGCUCAACCCGGGACUAAAGGACUAACACGUGGCCUGCCGUGGUGGUGGCGACCGUUGGUAUACCUCUUUAGUCCCGGUUGGUGGCUCAACCCGGGACUAAAGGACUAACACGUGGCCUAACGUAGUGGGGCGACUGUUGGCAUACCUCUUUAGUCCCGGUUGGUGGUUGAACCCGGGACUAAAAGCCUAACACGUGGCCUGCCGUAGUGGUGGCAACCAUUUGGUAUACCUCUUUAGUCCCGGUUGGUGGCUCAAACCGGGAUUAAAGGCCCAAAUGGUUUGCAUCCCGCGUCGUUUCGGGAGAUGAAAAGCACGAACCGAAGCGUACAGUCGCCAUUUCUCUGUUCUUCUUCUCUCUCACGUCGCCCUCUCUAUUCUUCUCCUCUCUCGCGUCGCCCUCUCUGUUCUUCUCCUCUCUUCUUCCCUUCUCUUGUUCCACCAUGCCAACUACCUUUCAUGAGGUGGUCGCGCAUGGGACGACCAAGCUCCGUGUCGUGUACACGAACCUGAGCACGGAGGUGCCGUUUUUCCUUCAACAGUUGAAGGAACGAUGGUUUAACCAUGCACCAGAUCAUGAGAAGUUCUUCGGGCUUGAUCUGAAGUACACGGCCGAUCAACGCGGUGUUGCCGUCAUCCAAAUAUGCUUCGCAAGCCAUGUCUUGAUCUUCCAAUGGGGGAGGUAAGUUUUGAGGCUUUCUUUGAUCCAAGAUAAUACAUUGUAUAAGUUUAUUUGUUUCUAUCAUAGUUGGUUCCCUUCAAAUAGUUGUAGUGAAACAAUUUUGAUUACUUGAAGGGGAGCACAAUCUAAUUGGAAUAGUGUUCCAUAAUCUGAAAAAUCGUAUUAGAAUAAACUAGUGUUUAAUAUGUUCCAUUGGAAUCAUAGUUGGUUCCCUUCAAAUAGUUGUAGUGAAACAAUUUUGAUUAGUUGAAGGGGAACACAAUCUGAUUGGAAUAGUGUUUCAUAAUCUGAAAAAUCGUAUUAGAAUGAACUAGUGUUUAAUAUGUUCCACUGGAAUCAUAGUUGGUUCGCUUCAAAUAGUUGUAGUGAAACAAUUUUGAUUAGUUGAAGGGGAACACAAUCUGAUUGGAAUAGUGUUCCAUAAUCUAAAAAAUCGUAUUAGAAUGAACUAGUGUUUAAUAUGUUCCAUUGGAACCAUAGUUGGUUCGCUUCAAAUAGUUGUAGUGAUCUCUCUAGGUUCCAUUGCAUAUGUUCUAUUUGAAUCCAAAAGAUAAGUUUCUCUUUAGUUGUAGUGAAACAUGUUUCCUUAUUGCAGCAGUAUGUAACAUUUGUUCCAUUCUAAUUUGUUUCUGUUGCAGGAGUGACAAGCAUUGUCCUGGACUCAUGGAGUUCCUUCGCAGCGGCGUCACUUUUGCUUCCGUUGACAUAUGGAACGACAGGCUGAAGAUGAGGCACAACUUCGGUAUUGAGAUACGAGCUGGUUGCCUCGUUGAUCUCCAAACGAUAUUCAGGCUUCGACAUGAGAGGACUUCGAUGGCUCAUAUGGCAGUUGCCUUGAUCGACGAUUCAUAUGGUGAUAUGAAGACCAGUUUCCCAAAGUCUCAGCACAGACUUUGGGAGAAGGGCCCACUUGAUGAUAUCAACAUUCAGUAUGCAGCAAAAGAUGCAUACGUUUCAUACGAGUUGUACCGCAAGAUUCGAGUCGUCAACUAUGGCCAGCGUCACCUCGAGGAAGGUGGGCAUUCUGAUUCAGAUGAUUCAGACGAGUAGUGUUCUUAACGUCGAACACUUGUAUAUAUAUAUCUAUGGUAGCUAUUAUUAUGUACUGUUUGGGCUAGUAUCAUGUACUUCUUGGACCAAUUUACAUAUGUCUAGUUUCUGUUUGUGCCAUUAUAGUUUCCCAAUUUGAAUGGUUUAGCCCUUUCUAACUUCGUUUGCUACUUUUGAAUGGUUUAGCCCUUUCUAACUUCAUGGUAUCAUGCAUUUCGACCACAUAUAUAUACAAAAAGUCUUUAGUUCAAAUAAGUUCAAAUAAGUUCAUGCAUUUCAACAUUUUCAGAGUUCAUUUGUAGUGCUUUUCAAUUUCAGGGUCAACUAGCUCAAAAAAAAAAGUAAAUGCACGAAAUAUACCAAAUGAAGUCAGAAAUUGUUGAAAUUUUGUGAUGUGCCUUUGAAUGGUGCAUUUUGAACACACAAAAAGUAUGGAGUUCAAAUAAGUUUAAAAAAAUGAAAUCCCUUUGUAAGAGAUGAGUUCUCGUUCGAAACCCUCCUACUUCGAGAGAGAUUGUCAGUUUUGUACACGAACUGCAUCCAGUUUUUGUCGUAGCCCUCUCAACUUUUUAACACAUGCUAUGUGGGUUAAAUGACUAUAGUAUGCCAACUUUCAACAUUUUCAGAGUACAUUUGUAGUGCUUUUCAAUUUCAGGGUCAACUAGCUCAAAAAAAAUUAAGUAAAUGCACGAAAUAUACCAAAUGAAGUCAGAAAUUGUUGAAAUUUUGUGAUGUGCCUUUGAAUGGUGCAUUUUGAACACACAAAAAGUAUGGAGUUCAAAUAAGUUUAAAAAAAUGAAAUCCCUUUGUAAGAGAUGAGUUCUCGUUCGAAACCCUGCUACUUCGAGAGAGAUUGUCAGUUUUGUACACGAACUGCAUCCAGUUUUUGUCGUAGCCCUCUCAACUUUUUAACACAUGCUAUGUGGGUUAAAUGACUAUAGUAUGCCAACUUUCAACAUUUUCAGAGUACAUUUGUAGUGCUUUUCAAUUUCAGGGUCAACUAGCUCAAAAAAAUAAGUAAAUGCACGAAAUAUACGAAAUGAAGUCAGWAAUUGUUGAAANNNNNNNNNNNNNNNNNNNNNNNNNNNNNNNNNNNNNNNNNNNNNNNNNNNNNNNNNNNNNNNNNNNNNNNNNNNNNNNNNNNNNNNNNNNNNNNNNNNNCUCCUUCUUCUUCUCCUUCUUCUUCUUAUCCUUUUGUCCCCUUCUUCUUAUCCUCCUCCCUCUCCUCCUUCUUCUUCUCCUUUUUCCUCUUCCUUCCUUUCAUUUUCCUCUUUUUCUCUUCUUGUCCCCUUCUUCGGGCUAAAUUGGCUAAGAAUGCCUUUUUGGAGCUAAUUAUGUCAUUUCGAGGAUAAUUAGCUAAGUAUAGGUCAUUUUUUAUUAAAUAGGCCAUUUUGGAGCUAACUAAGCUAAUUAUGUCCUUUCGUAGGAUAAUUAGCCAAUUUAGCCUUUCUUGGAUAAGUCUAAGCUACGUAGAAGAAGAGAUAGAGAAGAAGAAAUAAAAUAAGGAGGAGGAGGAGGAGGAGGAGAAGAAGAAGGAAGAGGAGAAGAAGAAGAAAAGAAGAAGGAGAAGGAGGAAGAAGAAGGAGUAGGAGGAGCUCCUUCUCCUUCUCCUCCUUCUUCUCCUUCUUCUCCUUCUUCUUCUCCUCCUCCCUGUCCUCCUUCUUCUCCUUAUUUUUCCUCUUCCCUCCUUUCAUUUUUCCUCUUUUUCUCUUCUUGUCCCCUUCUUCGGGCUAAAUUGGCUAAGAAUGCCUUUUUGGAGCUAAUUAUGUCAUUUCGAGGAUAAUUAGCUAAGUAUAUGUAAUUUUUUAUUAAAUAGGCCAUUUUGGAGCUAACUAAGCUAAUUAUGUCAUUUCGUAGGAUAAUUAGCCAAUUUAGCCUUUCUUGGAUGAGUCUAAGCUACGUAGAAGAAGAGAUAGAGAAGAAGAAGUAAAAUAAGGAGGAGGAGGAGGAGGAGGAGGAGAAGAAGGAAGAGGAGAAGAAGAAGAAAAGAAGAAGGAGAAGAAGGAGAAGAAGAAGGAGAAGGAGAAGGAGGAAGAAGGAGGAAGAAGAAGGGGAAGGAGGAGCUCCUUCUCCUUCUUCUCCUUCUUCUCCUUCUUCUUCUCCUCCUCCCUCUCCUCCUUCUUCUUCUCCUCAUUUUUCCUCUUCCUGCCUUUCAUUUUCCUCUUUUUCUCUUCUUGUCCCCUUCUUCGGGCUAAAUUGGCUAAGAAUGCCUUUUUGGAGCUAAUUAUGUCAUUUCGAGGAUAAUUAGCUAAGUAUAGGWCAUUUUUUAUUAAAUAGGACAUUUUGGAGCUAACUAAGCUAAUUAUGUCAUUUCGUAGGACAAUUGGCUAAUUUAGCCUUUCUUGGAUGAGUCUAAGCUACGUAGAAGAAGAGAUAGAGAAGAAGAAGUAAAAUAAGGAGGAGGAGGAGGAGGAGGAGGAGGAGAAGAAGAAGGAAGAGGAGAAGAAGAAGAAAAGAAGAAGGAGAAGAAGGAGAAGAAGAAGGAGAAGGAGAAGGAGGAAGAAGAAGGAGUAGGAGGAGCUCCUUCUCCUUCUCCUCCUUCUUCUCCUUCUUCUCCUUCUUCUUCUCCUCCUCCCUCUCCUCCUUCUUCUCCUCAUUUUUCCUCUUCCCUCCUUUCAUUUUCCUCUUUUUCUCUUCUUGUCCCCUUCUUCGGGCUAAAUUGGCUAAGAAUGCCUUUUUGGAGCUAAUUAUGUCAUUUCGAGGAUAAUUAGCUAAGUAUAGGUCAUUUUUUAUUAAAUAGGCCAUUUUGGAGUUAACUAAGCCAAUUAUGUUAUUAGAUGGAAGUCUAGCUAUUUUGGGGCUAACUAAGCUAAUUAUGUCAUUAGAUGGAAGUCUAGCUAUUUUUUAUUAAAACACUAGAAAUAACAUACCUAAGUUAGGGUGAAGCACGGUGGCUCUGGCUUGUUUCACCUGGAGAAGGCUGCCCUGGAGAAGGCUCGACUGUAGAAGGGUCAUGCGAUGCGUUUCGGGACAUAUUCUGCACCAAACAUCGUUUGCAAUGUGUAGUUAGCAUGAGGACACUCUUAAGAUCACUCCACUGAAAUGAAACUCACCGUCCCCGCCACGUUAAUGACUGGCAUCGGCGGAGGGACUUGGCCGUUCUUCUCGCACAUAGACUGUACAUUUGGUUUCGACAAGUCAAACUUUUUAUUUAUUAAUGAAACGGACAUUCAAAUGCAAGAUUUGAAAUAACAUGAAGAAGAAACUUACCACGAAGAGCUCGUAUAUGGCCCUGGUAGACGCUUCAUUCCGUGCCCUCUCCGCCUCCACCAAUGCAGUCGUCCUCUCCUCCAGCUCCCUAAUUUCCUUAUCCUUCUCCGCCAUAGCCGCCUGCAUUGCCGCUCUCUCUUUCUGAAUAGCAGCCUGCAACACAACUCAUUGUUAGCAAUGUAAUCAUAUUGGUUCCAACGCACAACAUAAUGCGGAAAGAUUGUUCAGUCCAUUAAACUAACCUCGAUGGCGAGCUCGACUGGCCGUGGACGACGUGUUAUCUCCGGACAAGAGCUCGUUUGGCGUGCCUUUAUCUACCGGAGAGUGCUAGGACAACGUAUAAGGCCGUCUCCAAUGGCGAUCGAGCCAUGGGGCCUCCCGUUGCCAGCUAUCAUCACCAGCUCUGGAUCAAUUGGCCCCUCGCUCGGGUUAAAGUCCUCCCCUUUCCUCGCCUUCCCGUGAUCUCUGUACUUCACGAGCUUGUCGUGGGAGGAGAUGUUGGUGAAGUUUUCUGGAUGCUCGAGGUCAGACUCACAGAAUGCCUUGACCUUCUUGUACGAGGCAGUAUGGGCCAUCGCAUACAGGUCGUACAUCUGUGGCGCCUCCGUCUUAUUGUGACGCGCCUAAAAGAGAGAGAGCAGAAAAUUGUAUUGGUAAAGGGCUCAAGAUAGCAUUAAGAAUGAAUUGCAUGAGGCAUGAACCAAACCACAUACCCAGUUCUCGCCAAAUUGGAUUAAGUUGACGCUCCCUUGAUGGUGUGGCACGCCAACCAUUUUGCCACGCCUCUCCUUGGCGUUGUUGUGGCUGGUCUCCCACGUUUUGGAGCACCACUGGUCCACCAAGGCCUCCCAACAAUCCAUCUUAUCCACACACCAUCUAGGGGGCACCUAAGUUAAUAAAGAGAAAUUUGAGUGCGUAAGAACCAAAUCAAGGAAACUAACUACAAAGCCUUAAUAAUAUGUAAUUACCUUCAUGUAAUGCUCCUUCUCCAUCUUAGCAUCAUGGCACUUCGCCUUAUCAAUCCUAAUACGCCGCGUGGCAUAGUAGUCUCGAACAGCCUGCACCCGAGCCUCGUGCCGAAAGUUUUGAAGUAGGCGGCGACAUUCGGUUUCGAUAACCUUUGCCGCGUCGUCCUCGUAUCCCUCCUCACACCUGUAGAAGGUCUGCAAACGGGACAACACCGAUUAGUACAAUAAAUAGCUAUGGUUAAUUUAUAAUUGUGUGAAAGAGAAAUUACCCAGAACUUUCGGAUCACCAUGUCCGCCCUCGUGUCACACAAAACACCGUCGAUCUCCACCUCCGGCGGGGCCAGGGCACCCAAGUAGUGCUCCCAGGUCAUCCCUACCUCUCGCUCCCGACCGGGCAACGUAACAAACCCUGGGAAGUUUUGACGGCAAAGAACACCGAGGACGCUGUUGGGCUUGCGGACACCCUUGGCAACAAUCCAACCCCUACAGUAUGACAAAUUAAAGCCAAAACAUUAGAUAUUUGAGAAAACGCGAAGGCAAAAGGUUAAAUAAGAGUAAAUUAACUUACUUGUCCCCAUUUGGCCUAAUCGAGCACCUCUGCUCGGGGGUCGCUGGCACGAGCGGGAGCCCCGAACUACCACGCUGGUAGACGGUAUCCCCCUCACCCAGCUCCUCGUCGCUACCAGCAUGGCAGUUGGCUCUGGCCAGGGAUCCCACUGGGUCUCUUGGGACGUACCCUCAUCCCUGCUGUGCUCCGCAGUCGUGUGGAAGGAAGCCUCUGGGACACGAGUCUCGUGGGUCAAAGGCUCGUCGACCUGAGGCUCGUCGACCCGAGGCUCGUGAACCGGAGACCGUGUAGCCUCCACCUCAGACGAAUCCACCCUAGAAGUCCUCCUGUGCUCAGGUGAAUCAGCUUGGGGUGGUGGCGGAGACCGUGUAUCCCUACCUCUCCCGCGGCCACGUGUACCUUUAGUACAACAUAAAUACCAACAUGAGUAAUAAAAUGUAUAUAAAUACCAAUAUGCAUACAACAUGAGUACAACAUAAAUACCAACACGAAUACAACGUGUACCUUUAGUGCCUCUCGGCUUCGCGGGUGGUCGACCUCCUCUCACGGGGGCCGCUCCUUGCAUACUAGAGAGCAACACUCUCCGAAGAGGCGAGGCCGGAAUGGAAGUACCCAUCCCAUCACCCGCCGACGAAGAAGCAGCCGCGGCAUGCUUUCGACCCUUUCCCACCAUCUUUCAACACCUGUCAUGACAAAGAGUAAAUGAAAUUAGUACAACAUAAAUACCAACAUGACUAAUAAAAAUUGAAUACCUAACAUGAACUCAAAAUUUAUAUAUAGUAUAAUAGUUGAAUACCUGACAUGAACUAAUAACAAUCGUCCUCGUCUAUAUAUGCUUCGGGGUCAAUAAAUGCAUCAUGAUCAUCACUAUCAUCAAUAAAUGCAUCAUCAUCAUCACUAUCUAGAAGAACAUGUGGAAGGCCACCAUUAUGUAAUCGGUCAAGAAGUGACAGGUCAUCCGCAGCAGUAACCUCUUCUUCUUCCAGAUCUUCCUCUUCGGGCUCAGGGGUUAAGACGGAUUCACUGUCACUGUCUACUUCAAUGUUCUGGGGUGAAGUAGAGCGGUUCUUGAAACGUUUCUUGGACAUACGUGUUUCUUGGAAGAAUUCUCCUUCAUAUGUGUCUGGGUUAAUGUGAGGUUCGUAAUCCUCUUCAUUGAGGGUAGGUGGUCUAAAAUGUGGUGGCACAUCAUAAACGACAUCCCAACCUUUGAGAUUUGGAUCAAUUUGGCAGGCCCACGGUAGAUAGAAAACUUGUGUCGCCUGUUGAGACAUAAUAUAGACAUCGGGAACAUCUAAGUGGGUGUUUUGGUUGAUUUCGACUAGUCCUAUAUGUUCAUGAGUCCUUCUAGUCUCCCUCGGCUCAAACCAAUAACAUUUGAAGACUACGACGGUCGGUGGGUUUUCACCAUAGAAUAGAAGUUCAUAAAUUGCUUCAACCCUUCCAUAAUACUCGGUGUCUCCUUCGCCGAUAGCAGAGACAGAACAAUUUGUAGUCUUUAGGUCGGGCAUAGAUAGCUCUUUGCCAAAGGUACGAAAGUGAUACCCGUUGAUGUUGUAUUUGUCAAAUGAACGGACCUUAUAGUCAAAACCAUUAGCGACUUGUCUCAACUCGGCGUCCAUAGACUCUGCAUCAGCCUACAAGUUUAAUACGAAAGAAUGGAUGCAUUAGCCGCAAAUUAGACCAAUAAUUCAAAUGGGCCCUUAAUGGUAAUUAAUUACCCUUUGUUUGAACCAAGAGAUGAAACCAGGAUAGUUGCCUCCAUGCUUUGCGAGAAGCUCAUACUCUUCGACGGAAUCCUUUUCGAUGACCGCUCCAUCCGAGAAUUCGGCGACGUAUCGACUAUAUCAAAUAUCCGGGAAUAAGAGUGGUUCAAAGCAAUUAGAAGUUGCGGAACAAUAAAUUACCGAGAACUUACUCGAUGUACGGCCGCACUUCUGUUAGGUUGGUGAAGAUAUACAAUGAAAUGGUCCGCCAUUCUUCGACAUCCAACGAUUUCCCUUUCGAAGCACCGGAUGGUGCGAGCUUACCUUUGAAUAGGCUGAGGUUGGAUCGAACUUUUUCUCGAUCGCCAUCAUUGUACCGAGGCUUCGGGUUAUGCAAAUGAUAAUUUUUGGCUUCGUAGUGUGCUGUCACGAAGUUUGCCGCCUCCUCAGUAAUGAAUGCCUCGGCCAUCGAUGCUUCAAUUCUACGUUUAUUUUUACACUUAGCUCGAAGCGUCUUCUGCAUCCUCUCAGUUGAGUAGCACCAUUGAUUUUGAACGGGCCCCCCCAUUCUUGCCUCGGUCGGGAGAUGCAAAAUCAAAUGUUGCAUUGGAUUAAAGAAGCCCGGUGGAAAGAUCUUUUCUAAUUUGCAGACCAACUCCGGCGCCAACUCUUCCAUUUCAUCUAGCACGCCAGGCGAUAGUUCUUUCGCACGAAGAGAACGGAAGAAAUAGCUCAGCUCUGCCAGUACUAGCCAUUCAUCCUCAGGGAUAAAGCCACGCAACAUCACCGGCAUUACCCGCUGAAUCCAUAUGUGCCAAUCAUGACUCUUGAGCCCAAAUAUUUUCAAUUUCUCAAGACUUGCUCCCCUCUUUAGAUUCGCAGCAUACCCAUCGGGGAACAUCAACCGCAUUUUCACCCACAAUAGCAUUUCCCUCAUAGCUGGCCUUUCAAGAUUGAACCAUGCCUUUGGCUUCGCUAUGCUUUGCUUUCCUUUCCGUUGUCGCAAGUUUUGCAACGGUCUAUCACAUAGAGCCUCCAGGUCGAUUCUAGCCUUAGGAUUAUCUUUUGACUUCCCCUCUAUGCCGAACAAUGUACCAAAAAUGGCCUCCGCAAUAUUCUUUUCAGUGUGCAUCACGUCAAUGUUGUGUGGGCAAAGGAGGUCUUUGAAGUAAGGGAGAUCCCAUAAGCAUGACUUGUGAGUCCAGGCGUGUUCCGUAUUAUACCCUUUGAAGUAUCCUGGACGCAAAGGAUCGGGCUCGAGAGCGUUUAACUGAUCAAGGGUCUGUUGGCCUGUCAACGCAGCUGGUGCAGUGUUUUUGACAACUCUACCUUUGAUGAAAUUCUUCUUGUCUUUUCUGAACUUAUGGUCAGGAUCCAGGAAUUGUCUAUGCAUGUCGAAGCAAGAAUACUUGCGACCAUCCUGCAGCCAACGGAACUGAAGAGCUGCCUUGCAUGUGGUGCACGGGAACCUUCCAUGCACACACCAGCCAGCGAAUAGCGCAAACGCCGGAUAAUCAUGCGUCGAGUACAUGUACCACACAUGCAUUUUGAAAUUUGUUUUGGUAGCCGCGUCGUAGGUCUUGAUCCCAUUAUCCCAGGCUUCUUGCAACUCAUCCUUAAGCGGCUGCAUGUACACAUUCAUAUUCUUCCCCGGAUAGUUGGGCCCUGGAACUAUCAACGUCAGGAAAAUGUUCUUUCUUUUCAUAAUCUCUCCGGGUGGCAAAUUUAGUGGAAUGACAAAUACAGGCCAACAACUGUAUUGUGCUGCCGUCAUACCAUACACAUUGAACCCAUCCGUGCUGAUGGCAACUCUAGGUUGCCUUGGAUCUUCCGAUUUAUCCUUAUGUAAUGCAUCGAAGUGCCUCCACGCAAAACCAUCUGAAGUGUGUACCAGCAUCUUGUUCCCAUCCGCAUCUAGUUCGGUUCUUUUGCCCAAUUUGUGCCAUGUCAUCUGUCCGGCCGUCUCUUCGACCAUGAAAAGACGUUGAAGUCUUGGUACGAUUGGCAAAUAUUGAAGAACACUAAUGGGGAUUUUGGUCUGAUUCUUCUCACCCAUGCCGUUGUCUACCACAAUAUACCUGGAAGAAUUGCAAAUGGGGCAAUAGUUCAAGGCCGCAUACUCAAGCCUAAAUAAGGCACAUCCAUUCUCACAGGCAUGUAUCUUCUCAUAGGGCAUCUUAAGUACACGGAGGAUUUUCUCCGACUGGUACAGGUUUGCAGGCAGUACAUGGCCUUUGGGUAGAAAGCGUCCAAAUAUCGUCAUCAUCGCGUCGUAGCAUUCUCUGCCUAGGUUGAGUUGAGCCUUCAGAGCCAUUACUUGCGCGAUGACAUCCAGCUGACAAAGCUCAGUCUGCUCGUGGAGAGGACAUUUUGAAGACUCCAGCAUUUCAUAGAAGGCCUUUGCAGAUUCCUCCAUCUCAUCGUCCGAAUCCCGAGCAUCAUCAAAGUCUUGCACCAUGUCUUCAAUCCCGGUACCAUGCUCGUCGGUGCGACGACGAAUCACCUCAGCUCUGGCACGUUGGUCAGACUCACCAUGAAAAGUCCACACCGUAUAAUUAGGCGUAAAACCCCACUUCUGCAAGUGUUUACCCAUUUCAAACUCUGUCUGCUUUUUCCAGUUGUCGUAGUUGGGACACGGGCACCAUGUUUUUUGCUGGCCAUUUGCAAAUGCGGCUCUCACAAACCCCCUGGUUUUUGUUAACCAUUCAUGGGUCAUGUCUUUCUGACUAGGGUGACCAGUGUACAUCCAAGCACGAUCACUCAUGUUGCCUAGCUACCUAUGGGGGCACAAGAAAUAAAUACAUAAUUCAUCAUCUAUAUUCAUACGCUAAUCAAGUUUGUCAGUUUUAUUACGUCCAUGCAACCUACACGCUAAUAGGUAAAGAUAGGUCCUAAUCCCACCCGAGUAUGUGUAGACUGGGUUCGUUUUCCCGUGCUCUGCUCCAGAUGCGACGCAGAAUUUCGGCAGCACCUCCCCGCUGUUCUCCUGAUACACGUCUCGGCAAUAAGCAGAGAGGAUGUGUACCCGGAGAACAACAGGGGAGGCACUGACGAAAUUCCGCAUCGGAUCCGGAGCACAGCAUACGGGAAAACAAACCCAAUCUACACAUACUCGGGCUGUCGAUGGAUAAUGUUGGACAAUUCGAAAGGAUGGCGGUUAUAAAUAUGCAAAGAAAUGCAUAUUUAUAGAUGUCGCCCUUUCGAACGGGAGACGCAUACUGGUCACGCAUACUCAUGAUUGAAGAAACCUAUAGCUAGCAAGUUUCAUCGGCACGAAGACCGGGACAGAGCAAAUUGAGGGGGUAGGAGGAGAAGUCAUUUGUGCUCACCAACAAACGCAAGGGCGGAGCUCGUCCAACGCACGUGGAGGUCGUCGAACAACUGCACAUUGAAAUUCACCCGAUCAACACAAAUACGAUGUUUUUAUAAUUAACAUGAUCGGAAAAUAUGUGACCUAACUCAUAAUUUACAAAACUAUGACCCCGUGGGCCUCUGGAAGGCCGAAAAGCACCUUCUCGUUCAAAAGAAGGCAGAAGAGGUGUCGGGGGUCGGGGCUUAGUGGCGUCGGGAGUCAGUGCCGUCGAGGGUCGGUGGCAUCGGGGGUCGGGGGGUUAGUGGCGUCGGUUGUGGGGGGUCAGUGGCGUCGGGGGUCCAGGGUCAGUGGCGUCGGGGGUCCAGGGUCAGUGACGUCGGGUGUCAGUGGCGUCGGGGGGUCGGGAGUCGUGGGCCGAGGGUCUGGGUCGGGGGCAGUGGCGUCGGGGUCGAGGGUUAGUGGCGUCNNNNNNNNNNNNNNNNNNNNNNNNNNNNNNNNNNNNNNNNNNNNNNNNNNNNNNNNNNNNNNNNNNNNNNNNNNNNNNNNNNNNNNNNNNNNNNNNNNNNUCUCUCUCUCUCUNUNUNUCUUCUUCUUCUGUUCUUCUUCUUCUUCUUUCUUUUCAUUUUGCCUAUUUCUUCUCCGCUUCUCCUCAUGUUGGAGCUAAAUUACCUAAUUAUGUCUUUUUKGAGCUAAAUGGGCUAAUUAUCCCAUUUUAGAGGAAAACAAGCUAAGUAUAUAAUAUUCAUGAGCUAACCAAGGUUCUGAUGCCAUUUUGAGCUUAUUAUGGCAUUUUGGAGCUAAAUGGGCUAAUUAUGUCAUUGUUGGGGAAAUUAAAGCAAGGAUAAUAUGAAAGAGGAGAAGAAAGAGGAGGAGGAGGAGAAGAAGAAGAAAUCAAGAAGAAGGAGGAGAAGGAGAAGGAGGAGAASNNCUAKMUCCUCCUYSKCCUCCUCCUCCUCCUUCUCCUUCUUCUCUUCUUCUUCUUCUUCUUUAUUUUUAUUUUUCCUAUUUCUUCUCCUCUUCUUGGAGCUAAAUUACGUAAUUAUGUUUUUUUGGAGCUAAAUGGGCUAAUUAUCUCAUUUUAGAGGAAAACAAGCUAAGUAUAUAAUAUUCAUGAGCUAACCAAGGUUGACCAAGAAUGAAAUGGUCCAUUAUUGAUAAUUACCGUUUGUUUGAACCAAGAGAUGAAACCGGGAUAGCCGCCUCCUGUCUUUGACAGAAGCGCAUAAUCUUCGACGGAAUCAUUUUCGAUCACCGCUCCAUCCGAGAAUUUGACGAUGUAAGGGCUGUUUGAAAUAUCCGGGAAUAAGAGCAGUUCAAAUGAAUUAGAAGUUACGGGAAAAUGUGUCGAGAACUCACUCGAUGUACGGCCGCACUUCUGGUAGGUUGUUGAAGAUAUACAACGAAAUGUUCCGCCAUUCUUCGACAUCCAACGUUAUUGGUUUCGAAGCACCGACUGGUGCGAGCUUCCCUUUGAAUAGGCUGAGGUUGGACCCACCUUUUUUAUGGUCUGCAUCAUUGUGCCGAGGCUUCGGAUUAUGCAGAUGAUGAUUUUUGGCUUCGUAGUGUGCUGUCACAAAGUUUGCCACCUCCUCAGUAAUGAAUGACUCAGCCAUCGAUGCUUCAAUUCAACGCUUAUUCUUACAUUUAGCUCGAAGGGUCUUCUGCAUCCUCUCAGUUGCAUAGCACCAACGAUCUUGCACGGGCCCACCCAAUCUUGCCUCGGUCAGUAGAUGUAAAAUCAAAUGCUGCAUUGGAUUAAAGAAGCCCGGUGGAAAGAUCUUCUCUAACUUGCACAACAACUCCAGUGCAAACUCCUCCAUGUCUUCUACCACGCCAGGCGACAAUUCUUUCGCACAAAGAACAUGAAAGAAAUAGCUCAGCUCCGCCAGUACUAGCCAUUCAUCCUCGGGAAUAAAGCCACAUAACAUCACCGGUAUUACCCGCUCUAGCCAUAUGUGCCAAUCAUGACUCUUGAGACCAAAGAUUUUUAAUUUUUCAAGACUCGCUCCCCUCUUUAGAUUCGCUGCAUACCCAUCGGGGAACAUCAAGUGCAUUUUGACCCACAAGAUAAUUUCCCUCAUAGCUGGCCUUCCAUGAAUGAACCAGGCCUUUGGCUUCGACCACUUCUGCUUUCCUUUGCCUUCUCGCAUGUUUUGUAAUGGUCUAUGACAUAGUGUCUCUUGAUCGACUCUAGCCUUAAUAUUAUCCUUUGUCUUCCCAUCUAUGUCGAACAAUGUACCAAAAAUAGCCUCUCCGAUAUUAUUUUCAGUGUGCAUCAUGUCGAUAUUGUGUGGAAGAAGGAGGUCUUUGAAGUAAGGCAGAUCCCAGAAGCAUGGCUUGUGAGUCCAGGCGUGUUUUGAAUUAUAACCCUUGAAAUACCAUGGACGCUCUGGAUCAGGCUCGAGGGCGUUUAACUCAUCCAAGAUCUGUUGGCCUGUGAACGCAGGUGGUGCCAAGUUCUUGACAACUUUACCUUUAUUAAAGUUCUUCUUGUCUUUUCUGAACUGAUGGUCAGGAUCCAGGAACUGUCUAUGCAAGUCAAAGCAAGAAUACUUCCGACCCUCCUGCAACCAAUGAAACUGAAGAGCUGCCUUGCAUUUGGGGCACGGGAACCUUCCAUGCACACACCAUCGAGAGAAUAGUGCAUACGCUGGCAAGUCAUGCAUAGAGUACAUGUACUGUUGGAAUUAUGCCCUAGAGGCCAUAAUAAAUAUAGUUAUUAUUAUAAUUCCUGUAUCAAGAUAAUCGUUUAUUAUCCAUGCUAUAAUUGUAUUGAAUGAAGACUUAUAUACAUGUGUGGAUACAUAGACAAAACACUGUCCCUAGCAAGCCUCUAGUUGGCUAGCCAGUUGAUCAAAGAUAGUCAGGGUCUUCUGAUUAUGAACAAAGCGUUGUUGCUUGAUAACUGGAUCAUGUCAUUAGGAGAAUCACGUGAUGGACUAGCCCAAACUAAUAGACGUAGCAUAUUGAUCGUGUCAUUUUAGUGCUACUGUUUUCUGCGUGUCAAGUAUUUGUUCCUAUGACCAUGAGAUCAUAUAACUCACUGACACCGGAGGAAUGCUUUGUGUGUAUCAAAUGUCGCAACGUAACUGGGUGACUAUAAAGAUGCUCUACAGGUAUCUCCGAAGGUGUUCGUCGAGUUAGUAUGGAUCGAGAGUGGGAUUUGUCACUCCGUGUGACGGAGAGGUAUCUCGGGGCCCACUCGGUAAUACAACAUCACACACAAGCCUUGCAAGCAAUGUGACUUAGUGUAAGUUGCGGGAUCUUGUAUUACGGAACGAGUAAAGAGACUUGCCAGUAAACGAGAUUGAAAUAGGUAUGCGGAUACUGACGAUCGAAUCUCGGGCAAGUAACAUACCGAAGGACAAAGGGAAUGACAUACGGGAUUAUAUGAAUCCUUGGCACUGAGGUUCAAACGAUAAGAUCUUCGUAGAAUAUGUAGGAUCCAAUAUGGGCAUCCAGGUCCCGCUAUUGGAUAUUGACCGAGGAGUCACUCGGUUCAUGUCUACUUGGUUCUCGAACCCGCAGGGUCUGCACACUUAAGGUUCGACGUUGUUUUAUGCGUAUUUGAGUUAUAUGGUUGGUUACCGAAUGUUGUUCGGAGUCCCGGAUGAGAUCACGGACGUCACGAGGGUUUCCGGAAUGGUCCGGAAACGAAGAUUGAUAUAUAGGAUGACCUCAUUUGAUUACCGGAAGGUUUUCGGAGUUACCGGGAAUGUACCGGGAAUGACGAAUGGGUUCCGGAUGUUCACCGGGGGGGGCAACCCACCCCGGGGAAGCCCAUAGGCCUUGGGGGUGGCGCACCAGCCCUUAGUGGGCUGGUGGGACAGCCAAAGAAGUCCCUAUGCGCCAUAGGAAGAAAAUCAAAGAGAAAAAAAAGGGAGGUGGGAAAAAGGGGAAGGACUCCUCCUUCCAAACCUAGUUGGAUUCGGUUUGGAAGGGGAGGACUCCCCCCCCUUGGCUCGGCCGAACCCCUUGGUGGUCCUUGGACCCCAAGGGAAGGCUCCCCCUCUUCCUCCUAUAUAUACGGAGGUUUUAGGGCUGAUUUGAGACAACUUUGCCACGGCAGCCCGACCACAUAUCUCCACGGUUUUACCUCUAGAUCGCGUUUCUGCGGAGCUCGGGCGGAGCCCUGCUGAGAUAAGAUCACCACAAACCUCCGGAGCACCGUCACGCUGCCGGAGAACUCAUCUACCUCUCCGUCUCUCUUGCUGGAUCAAGAAGGCCGAGAUCAUCGUCGAGCUGUACGUGUGCUGAACGCGGAGGUGGUCCGUUCGGCACUAGAUCGUGGGACUGAUCGCGGGGCGGUUCGCGGGGCGGAUCGAGGGACCUGAGGACGUUCCACUACAUCAACCGUGUUCACUAACACUUCAGCUGUGCGAUCUACAAGGGUACGUAGAUCGAAUAUCCCCUCUCGUAGAUGGACAUCACCAUGAUAGGUCUUCGUGCGCGUAGUAAAUUUUUUGUUUCCCAUGCGACGUUACCCAACAGUGGCAUCAUGAGCUAGGUUCAUGCGUAGAUGUCUUCUCGAGUAGAACACAAAAGUUUUUGUGGGCGGUGAUGUGCGUUUUGCUGCCCUCCUUAGUCUUUUCUUGAUUCCGCGGUAUUGUUGGAUCGAAGCGGCUUGGACCGACAUUACUCGUACGCUUACGAGAGACUGGUUUCAUCGCUACGAGUAACCCCGUUACUCAAAGAUGACUGGCAAGUGUCAGUUUCUCCAACUUUAGUUGAAUCGGAUUUGACCGAGGAGGUCCUUGUAUAAGGUUAAAUAGCAAUUCAUAUAUCUCCGUUGUGGUGUUUGCGUAAGUAAGAUGCGAUCCUACUAGAUACCCAUGGUCACCAUGUAAAACAUGCAACAACAAAAUUAGAGGACGUCUAACUUGUUUUUGCAGGGUAUGCUUGUGAUGUGAUAUGGCCAACGAUGUGAUGUGAUAUAUUGGAUGUAUGAGAUGAUCAUGUUGUAAUAGAUAAUAUCGACUUGCACGUCGAUGGUACGGCAACCGGCAGGAGCCAUAGGGUUGUCUUUAAACUAACGUUUGUGCUUGCAGAUGCGUUUACUAUUUUGCUAGGAUGUAGCAUUAGUAGUAAUAGCAUGAGCAGCACGACAACCCUGAUGGUGACACGUUGAUGGAGAUCAUGGUGUGGCGCCGGUGACAAGAAGAUCGUGCCGGUGCUUUGCUGAUGGAGAUCAAGGAGCACGUGAUGAUGGCCAUAUCAUGUCACUUAUGAAUUGCAUGUGAUGUUAAUCCUUUUAUGCACCUUAUUUUGCUUAGAACGACGGUAUCAUUAUGAGGUGAUCUCUCACUAAACUUUCAAGACGAAAUUGUGUUCUCCCAGACUGUGCACCGUUGCUACAGUUCGUCAUUACGAGACACCACGUGAUGAUCGGGUGUGAUAGACUCAACGUUCACAUACAACGGGUGCAAACCAGUUGCACACGCGGAACACUCGGGUUAAGCUUGACGAGCCUAGCAUCUGCAGACAUGGCCUCGGAACACAUGAGACCGAAAGGUCGAUCAUGAAUCAUAUAGAUGAUAUGAUUAGCAUAGGGAUGCUUACCACUGAAACUAUACUCAACUCACGUGAUGAUCGGUAUUGAGAUAGUGUAAGUGGAUCAUGAACCACUCAAAUGACUAGAGAUAUGUACUUUUUGAGUCCACUUUGAAUAUAGUCUUGAACAUAGUCUAAGUCCACUAUGAAUAUAUUUGUGUUGUAGAUCAUGGCUCACGCGACAGUCACCCUGAAUUUUAAUACGUUCCUAGAGAAAGCUAAGUUGAAAGAUGAUGGAAGCAACUUUGUAGACUGGGCUCGUAAUCUUAAGCUAAUCUUACAAGCUAGGAAGAAGGAUUAUGUCCUUAAUGCUGCACUAGGAGAUGAACCACCCGCUACGGCUGACUAGGAUGUUAAGAACGCUUGGUUAACACGUAAGGAGGACUACUCAGUAGUUCAAUGUGCAGUCUUGUAUGGCUUAGAACCGGGACUUCAACAUCGCUUUGAGAGUCAUGGAGCAUAUGAGAUGUCCCAGGAGUUGAAGUUUAUCUUUCAGAAGAACGCCCGGAUCGAGAGGUAUGAGACCUUCGAUAAAUUCUAUGCUUGCAAGAUGGAGGAGAAUUCGUCUGUCAGUGAACAUGUGCUCAAAAUGUCUGGGUACUCAAACCGUCUAGCUGAGCUGGGGAUUGAACUCCCGCAAGAGGCUAUCACUGACAGGAUCCUUCAGUCACUGCCGCCAAGCUAUAAAGGCUUUGUGUUGAACUACAACAUGCAAGGGAUGAACAAGUCACCCGGCGAGUUGUUUGCGAUGCUGAAAGUCGCAGAGUCUGAACUCCAUAAAGAGCAUCAAGUGUUGAUGGUGAAUAAGACCACUAGUUUCAAGAGAAACGGCAAAGGCAAGACGGGUAAUUCAAAGAAGAGCGGCAAGCCUGUUGCCAAUCCGAUGAAGAAACCCAAAGCUGGACCUAAGCCUGAAACAGAGUGUUACUAUUGCAAGGGUAUGGGUCACUAGAAGCGCAACUGCCCCAAGUAUCUGGCUGAUAAGAAGGCGGCCAAAGAAAAAUCAGGUAUAUUUGAUAUACAUGUUAUUGAUGUGUACUUAACCGGCACUCGUAGUAGUGCCUGGGUAUUCGAUACCGGUUCUGUUGCUCAUAUUUGCAACUCGAAACAGGAACUGCGGAAUAGACGAAGGCUGGCGAAAGAUGAAGUGACGAUGCGCGUAGGAAAUGGUUCCAAGUUUGAUGCAAUCGCCGUCGGCACAGUUUCACUUCAGUUACCAUCAGGAUUAGUUAUGAACUUGAAUCAUGGUUAUUUAGUGCCUGCGUUGAGCAUGAACAUUAUAUCUGGAUCUUGUUUAUUGCGAGACGGUUACUCUUUUAAUUCAGAGAAUAAUAGUUGUUCUAUUUCUAUGAGUAACAUCUUUUAUGGUCAUGCACCCAAUGUGAGAGGAUUGUUCAUAUUGAAUCUUGAUAGUGAUACACACAUACAUAACAUUGAGACCAAAAGAGUUAAAGUUAACAAUGAUAGCGCCAUAUUUUUGUGGCACUACCGCUUAGGUCAUAUUGGUGUAAAGCGCAUGAAGAAACUCCAUGCCGAUGGACUUUUGGAGUCACUUGACUUUGAUUCACUUGACACGUGCGAACCAUGCCUCAUGGGCAAGAUGACUAAAACUCCGUUCUCCGGAACAAUUGAGCGUGCUAGUGACUUGUUGGAAAUCAUACAAGGGUACGUAGAUCGAAUAUGCCCUCUCGUAGAUGGACAUCACCAUGAUAUGUCUUCGUGCGCGUAGGAAAUUUUUUGUUUCCCAUGCGACGUUCCCCAACAUGUACCACACAUGCAUUUUGAAGUUUUUUUUUCUAGCGGCAUCGUAUGUCUUGACCCCAUUAUCCCAAGCUUCUUCCAAUUCAUCCUUAAGCGGUUGCAGAUACACAUUCAUAUUCUUCCCCGGAUAAUUGGGCCCUGGAAUUAUCAACGUCAGAAAUAUGAUCUUUCUUUGCAUAAUCUGCCUAGGGGGGAGAUUGAGUGGAAUGACAAAUACAGGCCAACAACUGUAUUGGGUUGUCGUCAUGCCGAAGGGAUUAAAACCGACCGUGGCGGCACAGACUCGAGGAUUCCUUGGAUCUGUCGCUUUAUCUUGAUGCAAUCCAUCGAAAUGUUUCCACGCUUCCCCAUCCGAUGUGUGUACCAUCAUCUUAUUCCCAUCCGCAUCUAGUUCGGUUCUUUUGCCCAAUUUGUGCCUUGUCAUCUGUCUGGCUGUCUCUUCGACCAUGAAAAGACGUUGAAGUAUUGGUACGAUUGUGAUAUACCGAAGAACACUAACUGCGAUUUUGGUCUGCCUCUUCUCACCCAUACCGUUGUCUAUCACAAGAUACUUGCAAGACUCACAAUUGGGACAAUAGUCCAAGUGUUCAUACUCCUUCCUAAAUAAGACACAUCCUUUCUCACAUGCAUCUAUCUUCUCAUAGGGCAUCUUAAGUACACGAAGUAUUUUGUCCGACUGGUACAGGUUUGCAGGAAUGACAUGGCCUUUGGGUAGGAAACGUCCAAAUAGUGUCAUCAUCGCGUCAUAGCAUUCUCUUCCCAAGUUGAACUGAGCCUUCAGAGCCAUUACUUGUGCAAUUGCAUCCAGCUGACAGAGCUCAGUGUGCUCAUGGAGAGGACGUUUUGAAGACUCCAACAUUUCACAAAAGGCCUUUGCAGAUUCCUCCAUCUCAUCUUCCGAAUCCCGAGCAUCAUCAAAGUCUUGCACCAUGUCUUCCAUCCCGGUACCAUGCUCAUCCGUGCGACGACGGACCACCUCAGCUCUUGUGCGUUGUAUAGACUCACCAUGAAAUGUCCACACCGUAUAAUUAGGCUUAAAACCCCUCCUCUACAGGUUUUUAGUCAUUACAACCUCUGUCGUCUUUUUAUAGUUGUCGCAUCCAGGACAGGGGCAAUAGUUUCUUUCCUGGCCAUUUGCGAAUGCGGCUUUCACAAAUUGCUUUGUUUUUAAAAACCAUUCUUUCGUCAUCUCUUUCUGCCUAGGGUGACCGGUAUACAUCCACGCACGAUCACUCAUCUUGCGUAGCUACUAAAGACAGAAGAAAUAUAUUUAUAUAUAAUUUAGCAUUUAUAUUCAUCGGUUAAUCAGGUUCGCCAUUUUUAUUAUGUCCAGGCAACCUACAUGCUAAUAGGUAAAGAUAGGUCCUAAUCCCACCCGAGUAUGUGUAGAUUGGGUUCGUUUUCCCAUGCUCUGCUCCGGAUCCAAUGCAAAAUUUCGACAACACCUCCCCGCUGUUCUCCUGAUACACGUCUCCGCAAUAAACAGAGAGGAUGUGCAUCCAGAGAACAGCAGGGAGGCACUGAUGAAAUUCCGCAUCGGAUCCAGAGCACAUCAUACGGGAAAACGAACCCAAUCUACACAUGCUCGGGCUAUCCAUGGAUAAAGUUGGACAAUUCGAAAGGAUGGCGGUUAUAAAUAUGCAAAGACAUGCAUAUUUAUAGAUGUCGCCCUUUCGAACGGGAGACGCAUACUGGUCACGCAUACUGAUAAAUUAAUUGAAUUACCUAAAUCUAGAAAGUUUCAUCCGGAAACCGAGCCACAGUAAAUGAAGGGGCGGGGAGGAGAUGAAAUUUGUACUGACCCACGAAUGCAGGGGCGGAGCUCGUACAACGCACGGGCAGGUCUUCGCACAGCAGACCUCACAGCGACGAGACAACUACCACAUGUAAAUCCACCCGAUCAACGCAAAUAUUCCAAUUAUGUCAUUUUAGAGGAAAACAAGCUAAGUAUAUAAUAUUCAUGAGCUAACCAAGGUUCUUAUGCCAUUUUGAGCUUAUUAUGGUAUUUUCGAGGUAAAUGGGCUCAUUAUGUCAUUGUUGGGUUAAUUAAAGCAAGGAUAAUAUGAAAGAGGAGAAGAAAGAGGAGGAGGAGGAGAAGAAGAAGAAAUCAAGAAGAAGGAGGAGAAGGAGGGGGAGGAGAAGGACUAGAAGGUCCUUGGCCUUCUCCUCCUCCUCCUCCUCCUCCUCCUCCUUCUCCUUCUUCUCUUCUUCUUCUUCUUCUUUAUUUUAAUUUUUCCUAUUUCUCCUCCUCUUGUUGGAGCUAAAUUACCUAAUUAUGUCUUCUUGGAUCUAAAUGGGCUAAUUAUCUCAUUUUAGAGGAAAACAAGCUAAAUUUGGAGGAGAAACUUACCGUAGUGGUCAUCAACGAGGAGAAACACCACGGUUGCUCGCGGCGGCUUCGUUUGGAGACGGUUGCCCUGGAGAAGGGUCGUGCGAUGCCGCUUGGGAGUUAUUCUGCAGAGAAGAUAUUUUGCAAUGUCUUAGUUUGCAUGAUGACACUCAAUUAUUAAUACUAGUUUAUAAUGAAACUCACCGUGCCAAUCGAAGAGAAGACGGGCAUCGGCGGAGGGACUUGACCGCUCUUCUCGCACAGACCCUGAAGAGUGGGUCGUAUUAGUUGGUAUUGAAACAUACAUUACACACAUGAUUUGGCUAAUGUGAAUAAAACAUACCACAGAAAGCUCGUACAGGGCCCGUUGACCCGCCUCAUUCCGAGCCCUCUCCUCCUCAAGCAAUCGUGCUCUGGUCUGGUCCCUCUCAUCAAGAGCAGCCUGAAGAGCAGCCUGGCUUGCCAAUCUCUCUUUCUCAAGAGCAGCGUGGUUUGCCGCUCUCUCUUUCUGAAGAGCAGCCUGAAACACCAUUCCUCGUUACCACAGUAAUGAUCUAUGGUGACACAGAUAAUGAAAUGGAUGAAAGUGUUCUUAGUCCAUACAACUAACCUUGAUGGCAAGUUCGACUGGCCGUGGACGACGCGUUAUCUCAGGACAGUUGCUCGACUGGCGCGCCUUGAUCUCCGGAAGAGUGAGUGGACAACGUAUUAUCCCAUCUCCAAUGGCUAUCGAGCCAUGGGGCCUCCCGCCACCAGAUAUCAUCACCAGCUCUGGAUCCAAAGGUUCCUGGCUAGGGUUAAAGUCAUCCCCUUUCGUAGCCUUCCCCGCGUCCCUGUAUGCCACGAGCUUCUGGUGGGAUGAUAUGUUGGUAAAGUUAUUGGGAUCAUCCAGGUCAGACUCAGAGAAUGCCUUCGCCUUCUUGUACGAGGCAGUAUGGGCCAUGCCAUAAAGGUCGUACAAGUGUGGCAUCUCAGUCUUAUUGUGAUGCGCCUAAAAGAGAGGAACACAAUAUUAGCAUCAAGAAUGAAUUGCAUGAAUCAUGAAGCAAAUCACAUACCCAGUUUCGUCCAAACUGAAGUAAGUUGGCGCUGCCUUGAUGGUGUGGCACACCAACUAUUUGGCUACGCCGAUCCUUCGCAUUCUCGUGGAUGGCUCGCCAGCUGCGUGUGCACCACUCAUCAACAAACGCCCCCCAACAAUCCAUCUUAUCCGCACACCAUCUCGGGGGCACCUGUAAGUUAUUAGAAAGAAUUUUCAGCGCUACGCCUAUGAAUGAAAUCAAGAAAACUACGUAGAAGGACUUAAGAAUAGGUAAUUACCUUCAUGUAUUGCUCCUUCUUCAGAAACUUUCCAAAUCAAUCCUUCUUCGUCUUCUUAAUACCACGCGUGGCGUAGUAAUCUCGAAUAGCCUGCGGCCGAGCCUCGUGGCGCAAGUUCUGUAGUAACCGCCUACACUCGACCUCGAGAACCCUGGCCGCCUCCUCCUCAUAUCCAUCCUCACACCUAUAGAAGGUCUGCAAUCAAACGUGAAAACACCGAUUAGUACAAUAAUUAGCUAUAUUGUUAAUUUUAGAUCCUGUAAAAGGAUAAUUUACCCAAAAGCUCUUGAUCACCAUCUCGGCCCUCGUGUGGCACAAGACACCAUCUAUAAUCUCCUCCGGCGGGGCCUGCGCAGCCUGGUAGUGCUCCCAGGUAAAUCCUAGUGUAGGAACCUGACCCUCACCACGCAACGUGAAAACCCCGGGGAAAUUUGUCUGGCAAAGCACACAAUGGACGGAGUUCGGCCUGCGGACUCCAAGAGGGUGUACCCAUCCCCUGCAGUAUGAUAAGGUCAGCGCAUUAGAUAUUUGAAUAAACUUGAAGGCAAAAGCUAAAAAAGGGUAAAUGUACUUACCUAUCUCCUUCAGGUUUAAUCACCGGCCUCUGCUCGCGGGUAGCCGGGGCGACCGGGAGACGUGUACUACCACGCUUGUACACGGUGGCCCCGUCCACCUGCACAUCGCCCUCACUAUCCGUAAGCUCAUCCCCGCCAUCCCCGCCCCCUGAGCCACCCGGACCCUCGGUCCAAUCCGGCAACUCGGUACGAUCCGGCCAGAUCUCCCAUCCGGCCCUCUCCACGUCGGGUGAAGCCUCCGGAACCCUAGUCUCCUCCGGCUGCUCCUGGGCCGAAUGCACCUCGACCCGAGGCUGCUCCUGGACCGGAGUCUCAUGGGACGAAUGCCCGUGAACAGCAGGCUCCUGGACCGGAGUCCCCGUAGCCUCCUCCGCAAACGGGUCGACCGUACUAGUCCUAUGCUCGGGUGAAUGAGCUAGUGGUGGUGGCGAGGACGGCUCAACAGUCCUCCUGGAUCUUCCGCGGCCACCACCUCUCCCUGUACCCUUCCCCUCCUUCCCUACCCGACCAGCACCUCUCCCAGUGGGCAAUGCCGCCGACAAAGAAGAACCCACGGCUGGUGUCGAAAGACUGUCUGCCAAGGCUCUACAGAGAGAUAGGGGUGGAAGGGAAGUACCACCCCUCGUGCGGGGCGCCUCGGAAGAACCCGUCGAGCGAUCUCGACCCGCGCCCACCAUCUUUCAACACCUGCCAUGAUAAAGAUUAAAAGAAAUUAGUACAACAUAAAAAAAWUUGAAUGACUGACAUGAAUAAUAAUAUGUACAUGAAUAAUAAAGAUUAAAAUAUAUAUAAUUUAAGUUGUGAAUCUUACAAACUAAUAAUCAUCAUCAAUAAAUGCAUCAUCAUCAUCACUAUCACGCAUGUCUUCAUGAAUGACGUGCUCAUCGGGUUCAACGGCGUGAAGUUGUGAAAGGCCUUCCUUUAAUCGUUGAAGCAUUGACAGGUCAUCCGCAUCAGUAACCUCUACGAGUUCCAGGUCUUCUGGUUCCGGCUUAGGGCUAGAGUCGGAUUCAUUGUCGCUGUCUACUUCCAUGUUCUUGGAUGAAGCACGACGGUUCUUGAAACGUUUCUUGGAAAGACGUGUUUCUUGGAAGAAUUCUCCAUCAUAUGUGUCUGGGUUAAUGUGAGGUUCAUAAUCCUGUUCAUUUGGGAGAGGUGGUCUGACAUGUGGCGGCACUUCAUAAACAACAUACCAACCUUCCAUAUUCUUAUCCGUUUGGCAUGCCCACGGUAUAUAGAAAACUUGGGUCGCCUGUUGAGCCGUAAUAUAGACAUCGGGAAUAUCUAAAUGGGUGUUUGGAUUGAUUUCGACUAGUCCUAUAUGUUCAUGACUCCUUCUAGUCUUUUUCGGCCGGAACCAAUAACAUUUGAAGCCUACGACGUUCGGUGGGUUCUCACCAUAGAAUUGAAGUUCAUAAAUUGCUUCAACUCUUCCAUAGUACUCGAUAACACCUUCGCCGAUAGCAGAGACACCACAAUUUGUAGAUUUCCAGUCGGGCAUAGAUAGCUCUUUGCCAAAGGUACGAAAGAGAUACCCGUUGAUGUUGUAUUUCUCAAAUGAACGGACCUUAUAGUGAAAACCAUUAGCGACUUGUCUCAAUUCGGCGUCCAUAGACUCUGAAUUAGCCUACAAGUUUAAUACGAAAAGGUUGUUGCAUUAGCCGCAAGUUAGACCAAGAAUGAAAUGGUCCAUUAUUGAUAAUUACCGUUUGUUUGAACCAAGAGAUGAAACCGGGAUAGCCGCCUCCUGUCUUAGUCAGAAGCUCAUAUUCUUCCACGGAAUCAUUUUCGAUCACCGCUCCAUCCGAGAAUUUGACGACGUAACGGCUGUUUGAAAUAUCCGGGAAUAAGAACCGUUCAAAUGAAUUAGAAGUUACGGGAAAAUGUGUCGAGAACUCACUCGAUGUACGGCCGCACUCCUGUUAGGUUGUUGAAGAUAUACAACGACAUGUUCCGCCAUUCUUUGAUAUCCAACGUUAUUGGUUUCGAAGCACCGGCUAGUGCGAGCUUCCCUUUGAAUAGGCUGACGUUGGACCCACCUUUUUUAGGGUCUCCAUCAUUGUGCCGAGGCUUCGGAUUAUGCAAAUGAUGAUUUUUGGCUUCGUAGUGUGCUGUCACAAAGUUUGCCACCUCCUCAGUAAUGAAUGCCUCAGCCAUCGAUGCUUCAAUUCUACGCUUAUUUUUACAUUUAGCUCGAAGGGUCUUCUGCAUCCUCUCAGUUGCAUAGCACCAACGAUCUUGCAAGGGCCCACCCAAUCUUGCCUCGGUCGGUAGAUGUAAAAUCAAAUGCUGCAUUGGAUUAAAGAAGCCCGGUGGAAAGAUCUUCUCUAACUUGCACAACAACUCCGGUGCAAACUCCUCCAUGUCUUCUACCACGCCAGGCGACAAUUCUUUCGCACAAAGAACACGGAAGAAAUAGCUCAGCUCCGCCAGUACUAGCCAUUCAUCCUCAGGAAUAAAGCUAUGUAACAUCACCGGCAUUACCCGCUCUAGCCAUAUGUGCCAAUCAUGACUCUUGAGACCAAAGAUUUUUAAUUUUUCAAGACUCGCUCCCCUCUUUAGAUUCGCUGCAUACCCAUCGGGGAACAUCAAGUGAAUUUUGACCCACAAGAUAAUUUCCCUCAUAGCUGGCCUUCCAAGAUUGAACCAGGCCUUUGGCUUCGACCACUUCUGCUUUCCUUUGCCUUCUCGCAUGUUUUGUAACGGUCUAUGACAUAGUGUCUCUUGAUCGACUCUAGCCUUAAUAUUAUCCUUUGUCUUCCCAUCUAUGUCAAACAAUGUACCAAAAAUAGCCUCUCCCAUAUUCUUUUCAGUGUGCAUCAUGUCGAUAUUGUGUGGAAGAAGGAGGUCUUUGAAGUAAGGCAGAUCCCAGAAGCAUGGCUUCUGAGUACAGGCGUGUUUUGAAUUAUACCCCUUGAAAUACCCUGGACGCUCUGGAUCAGGCUCGAGGGCGUUUAACUAAUCCAGGAUCUGUUGGCCUGUGAACGCAGGUGGUGCCAAGUUUUUGACAACUUUACCUUUGGUAAAGUUCUUCUUGUCUUUUCUGAACUGAUGGUCAGGAUCCAGGAACUGUCUAUGCAAGUCAAAGCAAGAAUACUUCCGACCCUCCUGCAACCAAUGAAACUGAAGAGCUACCUUGCAUUGGGGGCACGGGAACCUUCCAUGCACACACCAUCCAGAGAAUAGCGCAUACGCUGGCAAGUCAUGCAUAGAGUACAUGUACCACACAUGCAUUUUGAAGUUUUCUUUUCUAGCGGCAUCGUAUGUCUUGACCCCAUUUUCCCAAGCUUCUUCCAAUUCAUCCUUAAGUGGUUGCAGGUACACAUUCAUAUUCUUCCCUGGAUAAUUGGGCCCUUGAAUUAUCAACGUCAGAAAUAUGUUCUUUCUUUGCAUAAUCUGCCCGGUGGGGAGAUUGAGUGGAAUGACAAAUACAGGCCAACAACUGUAUUGGGUUGCCGUCAUGCCGAAGGGAUUAAAACCAUCCGUGGCAUUGCAGACUCGAGGAUUCCUUGGAUCUGCCGCUCUAUCCUGAUGCAAUCCAUCGAAAUGUUUCCACGCUUCCCCAUCCGAUGUGUGUACCAUCAUCUUAUUCCCAUCCGCAUCUAGUUCGGUUGUUUUGCCCAAUUUGUGCCAUGUCAUCUGUCUGGCUGUCUCUUUGACCAUGAAAAGACGUUGAAGUCUUGGUACGAUUGGCAUAUACUGAAGAACACUAACUCCGAUUUUGGUCUGCCUCUUCUCACCCAUACCGUUGUCUAUCACAAGAUACUUGCAAGACUCACAAUUGGGACAAUAGUCCAAGUGUUCAUACUCCUUCCUAAAUAAGACACAUCCUUUCUCACAUGCAUCUAUCUUCUCAUAGGGCAUCUUAAGUACACGAAGUAUUUUGUCCGACUGGUACAGGUUUGCAGGAAUGACAUGGCCUUUGGGUAGGAAACGUCCAAAUAGUGUCAUCAUCGCGUCAUAGCAUUCUCUUCCCAAGUUGAACUGAGCCUUCAGAGCCAUUACUUGUGCAAUUGCAUCCAGCUGACAGAGCUCAGUGUGCUCAUGGAGAGGACGUUUUGAAGACUCCAACAUUUCACAAAAGGCCUUUGCAGAUUCCUCCAUCUCAUCUUCCGAAUCCCGAGCAUCAUCAAAGUCUUGCACCAUGUCUUCCAUCCCGGUACCAUGCUCAUCCGUGCGACGACGGACCACCUCAGCUCUUGUGCGUUGUAUAGACUCACCAUGAAAUGUCCACACCGUAUAAUUAGGCUUAAAACCCCUCCUCUACAGGUUUUUAGUCAUUACAACCUCUGUCGUCUUUUUAUAGUUGUCGCAUCCAGGACAGGGGCAAUAGUUUCUUUCCUGGCCAUUUGCGAAUGCGGCUUUCACAAAUUGCUUUGUUUUUAAAAACCAUUCUUUCGUCAUCUCUUUCUGCCUAGGGUGACCGGUAUACAUCCACGCACGAUCACUCAUCUUGCGUAGCUACUCCAGCACCGCUGCUAUUGUUCUAUGUAUAAGGUUUUCCCUACUAGUGAAUCUUCAUCGUUUAACAGGGUGCUUGGGUCAGCCUUUACUUUGAAGGGAGGAACUUCAUGAAACUUUUCAUAAUCUUCACACAUGUCUGUCUUGCCCUCCAAUCCCACGAUGUCUCUUUUUCCUGAAAGAACUAUGUGGCGCUUUGGCUGAUCGUAUGAUGUAUUCGCUGCCUUAUAUUUUCUUUUUCUCGGUUUGGUAGACAUGUCCUUCACAUAGAAAACCUCAUAGAAAACCUACGCCACAUCAUUGGCUAGGACGAAUGGUUCGUCUGUGAACCCAAGAUUGUUCAGAUCCACUGUUGUCAAUCCAUAUUGUGGGUCUAUCUGUACCCCACCUCCUGACAUAUUGACCCAUUUGCACUGAAACAAAGGGACCUUGAAAUCAUGUCCAUAGUCAAGUUCCCAUAUGUUCACUAUGUAACCAUAGUGUUGGGACUUGGCGACUCACUGGCGACUGAGAGUGACCUAGCGGGCGGCUCAUACAUUACCCCGUAGGCGACUCAGACAAAUGACGAAGGCCCAAGGCCCGGCGUACACUCUGACAUAAGGCAACUCAUAGAGAGGCUAGGAGGGCCGACUCACACAGAAGGCCCAAGAAGACAAAAGACUCCCACAAGAAGGAAACAAGACCCGGAUUAGGAUUCAAGAGAGACUAGUCCUAUUCCUAGUCCUAGUAGGACUCUACAUGUAAACUUACCCCUUCCACCUAUAUAAGGAGGGGUAAGGCGUCCCAAGAGGGACCAGAUUCACAACUUAGAUCUAGACAAGACAAAUCAUGAGAUAGACAGAUUAGACACCCAUGAGAUUAGAGGUGCCUAGUCUGCACCCUUGUAAUUGAGAUCAUCAUCUUCAUCAAUUAAACACAUCCUCUCAAGCCGCCACAUGGUUGCGAUGGCCUCACACCUAAGUUCUCUCACAAGGACAUCUGCCGUGACAAAACCACGACACAUAGUAUGUGUCCUUUUUCCCAUUCUCGUCUGUUGCAUCAAAGCAAACACCGCUGUUUUGGUUGGUGCUCUUUUGAUAUUGGGCGAUCGUGUAAAAUGUAUUCCCAUUUAUCUCAUACUCUUGGUAAGUCAAUACAGUCGAAGAUGGUGCCCUGGACAAAGAGUACAACUCAUCAGAAAAAAUGUUGUCACCUAUGAGACGUUUUUGCAACCAACUGCCAAACGUCCUGAUGUGUUCGUAUGUAAUCUAGUCGUCACACUGCUUCGGGUGUUUGGAGCGCAGAAUAUUCUUGUGUUCAUCGACAUACGGGGUCACCAAGGUAGAAUUCUGUAGAACCGUGUAGUGUGCUUGAGACCAAGAAUGCCCGUCCGUACAUAUUAUUGAGCCUCGCUCCCUAGUGUGCCUUUUCUAGUCAGUCUUUCCUCAUACCGCGAUUCAGGGAGACUAGGAAUGAAGUCAACACAAAACCAAUGACACCCUCUGUUUGAUGGCACAUGGAGAUGCUUACUUAUGGCCUAGCGCGGUUAUGAACAUAUUUCUUUAAGACUCCCAUGAACCUCUCAAAGGGGGACAUAUUGUGUAGAAAUACAAGGCCCAGAAAUAAAAUCUCGUCGACUAUAUGAACUAGGACGUGUGUCAUGAUAUUGAAGAAGGAUGGUCGGAACACCGGCUCGAAACUAACAAGACAUUGCACCAAAUCACUCCUUAACCUUGGCAGGAUUUCUGGAUCGAUCACCUUCUGAGAGAUUGCAUUGAGGAAUGCACAUAGCUUCACAAUGGCUAAUCGAACGUUUUUCGUUAGAAGCUCCCUCAAUGCAACCGAAAGCAGUUGCAUGAUAAUCACGUGGCAGUCAUGAGACUUUAGGUUCUAGAACUUUUUCUCUGCCUUAUUUAUUAUUCCUUUUAUAUUCAAUGAGAAGCCAGAGAGGAACUUCAUACUGAGCAGGCAUUCAAAGAAGAUUUCCUUCUCUUCUUUGGCAAGAGCAUAGCUGGCAGGACCUUCAUACUGCUUCGGGUGCAUGUCGUCUUUUUCAUGCAUACUUCUUCGUCACGUGCAUCACGUUGAUUGCAGAGGGGACCUCUAGGUCUUUCCAAUAGGAUAAGUCCAAAAAUAUAGAUUUCUUCUUCCACAUGGGUGCGCGUCCCGCAUCGUCAUUUGAAACAGAUAGUCCGCUAGGACCCUUUCCAAAGAUUACUUGUAAAUCAUUGACCAUAUCAAGUAUGUGAUCACCAGUACGGAUGGCCUGUUUCUUCCGGUGAUCCGCCUCACCUUUGAAAUGCUUUUCUUUCUUCCGACAUUGAUGGUUGGUCGGAAGAAAUCGACGAUGCCCCAGGUACACAUUCUUCCUGCAUUUGCCCAAAUAUAUAUUGUCGCUGUCAUCUUAACAGUGUGUGCAUGCGUUGUAUCCCUUGUUUCUCUCACCUGAAAGGUUACUGAGAGCAGGUCAAUCAUUGAUGGUUACAAACAACAACGCAUGUAGGUCAAAUUCCUCCCGUUCGUUCUCAUCCCACACACGUACACCAUUUCCAUUCCAUAGCUGUAAAAGUUCAUCAACUAAUGGCCUUAGAUACACAUCAAUGUCAUUGUCGGGUUGCCUAGGGCCUUGGAUAAGCACUGACAUCAUGAUGAACUUCCGCUUCAUGUACAACCAAGGAGGAAGGUUAUACAUACAUAGAGUCACAGGCCACGUGUUAUGCUCGCUGCUCUGCUCCCCAAAAGGAUUAACGCCAUCUGCACUUAAACCAAACCAUACGUUCCUUGGGUCACGUGUAAAGUCGCUCCACUUUUUCUCGAUCUUUCUACACUGCGACCCGUCAGCGGGUGCUCUCAGCUUCCCAUAUUUCUUACGGUCUUUUCUGUGUCAUUGCAUCAACUCGGCAUGCUUUUUAUUUCUAAACAGACGUUUCAACCGUGGUAUUAUAGGAGCAUACCACAUCACCUUGACAGGAACAAUCUUCGCUGUGCGUUGGCCCUCAACAUCACGAGGGUCAUCUCUUCUGAUCUUAUACCGCAAUGAGCCGCAUACCGGGCAUGCGUUCAAAUCCUCGUAGGCACCGCGGUAGAGGAUGCAGUCAUUAGGGCAUGCAUGUAUCUUCUGCACCUCGAAUCCUAGAGGGCAUAGAACCUUCUUUGCUUCGUACACACUGUCGGGCAAUUCGUUAUCCUUUGGUAGCUUUUUCUUCAUUAUUUUCAGUAGAGAACUAAAUCCCUUGUCACAUACACCAUUGUCUGCUUUCCAUUGCAGCAAUUCCAUGCUAGUUUAAUUAAUUGUACCAACAAAACAUAUAUUUUAUUUUGAGAGACAUUGUAUAAAUGUAGACGUUCACAUACACGCAUGUACACCAUCCAUAUGAAUGCAUGCACACACACUCCACGCCUUUUAACAUUUUCAACAGAGCGAGCCAUCAGAUCUUAUGAUAAAAUGAAAAAUAUUUUGUCCGCACCACUCAAGUCGCAUCUCAGACAAUUUGUAAUCAAGAAAUUCGUGGCUUAUAAUGAAACAAAAAACAAGCAAAGCCGGAAAAAGGUUGUGUAGCAACCAUAUAAUGAAUUGAACGGCUGAAAUUUCCAGCACGCACAAUGUAUCCGACGGCCAUGCUUCUUCACUGAUCCGGUGAAGAUAAGGAACCAGGGAACGUCAGCCACCCCUACCACAUCUGCAUGAAAGAAACGGGGCUAUAUAUACCGUGGUGAACAGGCAAUGGGGGCCUCAAGUGUAGCCGGCAUCAUCCUCUCUACAGUUAAUACAGUACCAUGGCCCCCGCCGUGAUGGCUUCGUCGGCUACCACCGUCGCACCCUUCCAGGGGCUCAAGUCCACAGCCGGUCUCCCCGUCAGCCGCCGCUCCAGCGCCAGCCUCGGCAGCGUCAGCAAUGGCGGAAGGAUCAGGUGCAUGCAGGUAUGUCGGGGCACAAAACUGAUAUGAGUUUCUUCCACAUUACAAUUACUGCACUUAGCAGUUACUAGCACUAAGUGUUAAGCGUUCCAUAAUUUCCAAUCAUUCAGGUGUGGCCGAUUGAGGGUAUCAAGAAGUUCGAGACCCUGUCUUACUUGCCACCCCUCACCACGGAGGCCCUCCUGAAGCAGGUUGACUACCUGAUCCGCUCCAAGUGGGUGCCCUGCCUCGAGUUCAGCAAGGUUGGCUUCGUCUUCCGUGAGCACAACAGCUCCCCCGGGUACUACGACGGCCGAUACUGGACAAUGUGGAAGCUGCCUAUGUUUGGGUGCACCGACGCUACACAGGUGCUUAACGAGGUGGAGGAGGUCAAGAAGGAAUACCCUGACGCUUACGUCCGUAUCAUCGGCUUUGACAACCUGCGGCAGGUGCAGUGCGUCAGCUUCAUCGCCUUCAGGCCACCGGGUUGCGAGGAGUCCGGCAAGGCAUAAACUACGAGGUGAAACAAUGGCCUAUGUCGUAUGAAGGUCUUCUGUGAACUUCACUUUUGUCCACGACUCUGCUUUCCGACUAGAGCAUAAUUUGCAUCUCUAUGAUCUGUGUUUGUACGAGCAUAGGUUGUGGAGCAUAUAUGCAUAUGUAAAUUCUAGCACGGCCUACACAUAUACAACACCUGUGCCAUAUUUAUAAUAUACAACAAGCGGACCAUUGUCUUGCUGUUAAUUAUCGGAAAAGUUUAUUUUAUUUAGCACUGCAAUGGAUGUCUCGCAGCUAGUGGGUGGAAGAUUCCUGUAUUUGACAUUAAGACCCACUGAUUGACAAUUGCAAUUUUCAGUUUCUUUACUUAUAUCAAUAACAAAAUAGCUGUGGUAUCUUUUCCAUGUCACUACCAUCAUUUUCAUCGGUUUUUGCUAGUAGAAUAGGAUGACACAUAUUCUUAGUAGAGACACUUACUAAAGAACUUGUGAUGGUCUGGAUAAUAAGCAUCUAACUGAACUAGAUAUAACAACAACAUUCGAACCAUAUUAUGCAACUAUUGGAAUAAAUCUCCAACAUGCAUUGCAUGAGCUCCUUGAGAAGGAUUGUAAUCAUGCUAGUGAAAAUCAAGAAAAAAAACUCGGAUUUCUGUAAGUACUAUGGAGCAACAGCUCCACCGUCCUUUUUCCAUGAAAACAAAAGCAGGCAAGAAAUAUUUACAAAGGGAACAAAGGAAAAGAAAAAACACUUACCUACUUACCUAUUUAUCUAAUGGAGGUUAGAGCAACCUCAACCGGACGACCCAAACGGAUGCUCAUUUUGUCUGUGUUUUAUACAUUUGGAUCGGCUUGUUCGCCCUGUUUUUCUUUUGGGUGACCCAUGCGCCCAAUGCGCGGACCCUUCUUUCGUCCGCACGACAGGUUUGCGGCCAUUUUUUGAUCUCUUUGUUACAUAUGUUUAAAAUUUAAUCCAAGAUUAACGAAGUUGAAUAAAAAUACAACCAUUUCAUAGUUCACAAACCACAUAAAUAUCUCAUAGUUUACAAGCCAAAUUAACAUUAAAUUGUCUCGAAUACAUUUGAAAGAAAAGGUUGCCAAUACAUCUAUUGGUUUCCAAUAUGAAUGCACAUAUGCUCAACCAAAUCAUUUCGCAGGUACAUGUGACUUUCAAUCACGUAUUUGAUGAUGAAACUCGGCGAACUAUGCAAACGUUAUUGCUCCUCCAUGCACAGGCACAACAUUGUCAUCCUGAUUGGAAUUGCCUACCAGGUAAACCAUUCAAAAGGAUGGAAGGUGUUGCAUAGGAUAAGAUCUUCUUGAUCCAAGUGAUGGCUCCAAUUUGUACACAAUUUUAGAGCUCAUUUGUCGCCUAUUAGCUCCAUAUAGCAUGUUCUAUUCAGCAAAUUACAUGUCCAUAUGCAUGAUAUCCAUUAUUUGUCCUUUCCAUCACAAGGAUUGCGUAAUCAUAAUUCUUUGUUAGUGCUUUUUCGUUUUCUUUGUUUUUGAAUGUUUUGUAGGUGAUGUGGAACUCCCAUCCACUUAACACAAUGAAAAGGAUCCAAAGGUAAGGACUUCCUGGCACCAGAUUUAGGCAUUCGGUUUUUUAGUUGCUCAAAAUCAAUAUCUGAUAUUGUACGUGCAUCAACAUUGUUCUCAUGAUUCCAACGAGCAGAAGAACAUUGAAAACAGAGUUUGGAUGUAAAAGUUACGAUUUUACCAAAGAGUCCAAAGCGUUUAACGACCUUUGGCAUGACCAAAAAUGCUCGUAUCAGGCCCUGACAAGCUCGAAAGUUGCCCUUUCAACAGGAAUUUUUCGAGGAUUUCUUGUUCAGUGCCAUAAAAAAGUGGUACUAUCAUUAUUAACUUUGCAUCUGUUGGCGUCAAUGUUAUGGACAUCAAUAUCACUACUAUCUAGAUUCAACAAGAAUAAACCAUUCACAGUAGCCUCAUGACCAUAAAAGAUGUUAGUCAUAUAAAUAGAUAAACCAUUAUUCUCUAAUUUAACCGAAUAACUGUCUCACAAUAAACAAAAUCUAGAUAUAACGUUCAUGCUCAACGUGGGCACCAAAUAACAAUUAUUUAGGUUUACAACUAAUCCCUGAUGGUAAUCGAAGGGCGAGUGUGUCGACGGCGAUCACAUCAACCUUGGAACCAUUUCCGACGUGCAUCGUCAUUUCGUCCUUUGCCAGCCUUCGUUUAUUCCAUAGUUCCUAUUUCAAGUUACAAAUAUGAGCAACCGAACCGCUAUCAAAUACUAAGGCAUUACUACGAGAGCUAGUAUGAUACACAUCAAUAACAUGUACAUCAAGUAUACCUUUGCUGACAUUGCCACGCUUCUUAUUGGACAGGUACUUAGGGAAAUUCCGCUUCUAGUUACCAGUUCCAUUGCAAUAGAAGCACUCAGUCUCAGGCUUGGGCCCAGCUUUGGGUUUCUUGAGGGGGGGGACUGUCUUCCCGUUUUUCUUUAAGUUUCCUUUCUUGCCCUUGCCUUUCUUAAAACUAGUGGUUUUAUUCACCAUCAACACUUGAUGCUCCUUCUUGAGUUCUACUUCUGCGAUUUUCAGCAUCGCGAAUAGCAUAGAGAUUAGCUUCUUCAUCCCUUGCAUAUUAUAGUUCAUCGUGAAGCCUUUGUAGCUAGGUGGCAGUGACUAGAGAACUAUGUCGGUGAUCGUCUCAGGUGGAAGCUCAACUUCCAACUGAUUCAGGCGGUUGUACCACCCACACAUUCUGAGUAUGUGCUCACUGACAGAACUAUUAUCUUCGAUCUUGCAGGUGAAGAACUUAUUAGAGGUCUCAUACCUCUUGAUCCGGCCAUUUGCUUGAAAUACUAACUUCAACUCCUGGAUCAUUUGAUAUGCUCUAUGGCGUUCAGAAUGGUUUUGAUGUCCCGAUUCUAAGUCGUACAACAUGGCGCACUGAACUAUCGAACAACCAUCACCACGCGCCUGCGAGACGUUCACAAAAUCUGCAGAGGGCACUAGAGGGGUGGCGCCUGAGGCGGUGCAUCAAGGACAUAAGCCUUUUGCGAAACCGUGAGGAUAAUCCUGAGAUUAAGGACCUAGUCUGCAUAGUUACUUCCCUCAUCUUUCAGCUUAUCUUUCUCUAGGUACACAUUAAAAUUCAGGGGAGCUACUGCGUGAGCCACUGAUCUACAACGUAAUUUGCAAAGACAUCUAUAGACUAUGUGUCAUGACAAUGAGUUCAAUCAAUCAUAUUAUUAGAUAACUCCCACUCAAAUCAACAUCCCUUAGUUGUCUAAGUGUGACAUGAUCCAAAUACACCAACCCAAGUCCGAUCAUCAUGUGAGAUGACGUGAUUUCAAUGGUGAACAUAUCCAUUUGAUGAUAUGUACUAUAUGACUCAUGUCCGACCUUUAGGUCUCCUCUAUUCCCAGGCCAUGUUUGUACAUGCUAGGCUCGUCAAGUUUAACCCAAGUGUUUUCCAUGUGCAAAACUGGCUUACAACCGUUGUAUGUAAACGAAGAGUGUAUCACACCUGAUCAUCACGAGGUGCUUCGAAACAACAAACUUUCGCAACAGUGAGGGAUCAACUUAUAAUGCUAUCAUUGUCCUAAGGAGAAUAAGAUGCAUAAAAGAUAUACAUCACAUGCAAAUCAUAUAAGUGACAUGAUAUGGCCAUCAUCAUCUUGUGAUUUUGAUCUCCAUAUCCAAAGCACCGACAUGACACCAUGAUCUCCAUCAUCGUGUCGUCAUGUGGUUGUCGCGCCAACUAUUGCUAACUCAUAGUGAUAAAGUAAAGCAAAUGGCACAAAUAAAUGAAAGACAACCCUAUGGCUCCUACCGGUUGUCGUACUCAUGCAUGCAUGGACAUGGAAGUCGUGAUAACUAUACAAAACAUGAUCAUCUCAUACAUCACAUAUAUCAAAUAACGUUUUUGGCCAUAUCACAUCAUAACAUUCCCUGCACAAACAAGUUAGACAUCCUCUACUUUGUUAUUGUAAGUUUUAUGUGGCUGCUAUGGGAAACUAGCAAAAACCAUUCUUACAUGCUCAAAGCCACAACGGUGAUAUUCAAGUUGCUAUCUAACCCUUUACAAGGACCGCCUCUAUCGACUCCGAUUCAACUAAUUAAAGUGAGAGAGACAGACACCCGCCAUCAACCUUUAUCGAAGCAAGUUACAUAUUAGUUGGUCAAACCGGUCUCUUGUGCGUGGACAAGUAAGGUUGGUCUGAGCCGCUCCAUCCCAGAGUUUCACGGAAUCAAAAUAAUACUAAGGAGCUAAGCAAGAUGAACAUCAACACCCACAAACACUUCGUGUUCUACUUGUGCAUAUCAUCUAUGCAUAAACCUAGCUCAUGAUGCCACUGUUGGGGAACGUUGCUUGGGAAACAAUAAUUUUCCUACGAACACCCAAGAUCCAUCUAUGGAGAUGUAUAGCUACGAGACGGGGAGUGACCUUGUAGAUCGCUAAGCGGAAGAGUUAAGAAAAGUGGUGAUGGUGGUGGUGGUGCAAUCUCAACGGGGCUUUACCAAGCGCUGCUACAGACGCGACGGGGGAUAAAAUUGAUCUCAAGAGAGAGGGAGAGCGCCGACAAAGGCUUGAUGUGUGGUUGCCCUCCCCAUCCUCUCAUAUAUAUAUAGGGAAGGGAGGAUGGGGCCGACACUAGGGUUUCCCCUAGGGGUGGGGGCCGCGGCCUAGGAGCUGGCUUGCCACCCAAGCAAGGGUGGCGCCACCCCUCGGGCAUGCACUUCCACCAGCCCAGUCGCAUGGGCCUAGGUGGGGAGGGGCGCCCAGCCCACCAGGGGCUGGUGCGCGUCCUUCUCAGCCCAUGUGGCCCCUCCGGGGCAGGUGGCACCCUUUCGAUACUCCCGGUACUCUACAUAAUACUUACUAAAGAACUUGUGAUGGUAUGGAUAAUAAGCAUCUAACUGAACUAGAUAUAGCAACAACAUUCGAAACAUAUUAUGGAACUAUUGGAAGAAAUCUCCAACAUGCAUUGCAUGAGCUCCUUGAGAAGGAUUGUAAUCAUGAUAGUGAAAGUGAAGAAAGAAACACUGAUUUUUGUAAGUACUAUGGAGCAACAGCUCCACCGUCCUUUAUUCCACUAAAAAAAAGCAAGCAAGAAAUAUUUAAGAAGGGAACCAAGGAAAAAGGAAACAAACACUUACCUACUUACCUCUUUAUCUAAUGGAGGUUAGAGCAACUCCAACCAGGCGAUCCAAUUGAACAUGUGUUUUGUCCGCGUUUUGUCCAUUUGAGACAGCAUGUCCGCCCUGUUUUUCUUUUAGGCCGGCCUUGUGCCCAAUGCGCCGACCCAUCUUUCGUCUGCGCGACAUGCUUGCGGGCAUUUGUUGAUCACUUUGUCACAUAUGUAUAAAAUUUGAUCCUAGACUAACAAAGUUCAAUAAAAAUACAAAAAAAUCGUAGUUCAGAAACCACAUAAAUAUCUCAUAGUUUACAAGUCAAAUAAACAUUAUAUUGUAUCAAAUACAUUUGAAAGAAGCAGUUGUCGAUACAUAUUUUAGUUGCCAACACGAAUCCACAUAUGAUCAACCAAAUCCUUUUGUAGUUGCAUGUGAGUUUCCCAAUCACGUAUCUGAUGGUGAACUGUGCAAAUGUUAUCCCUCCUCCAUGCACAGGCACAACAUUGUCGCCAUGAAACUCAAAUCCUUGAUCAUAGACACGUUCUGGGCGCUCAUCUUCUACGAUCAUGUUGUGCACGAUCACACAAACAAUAAUCACCUUCCAUCACUUCUGGGUGCCCGAAGUUCUUGCAGGAUACCGAACAAUGCCCCAUCGAGAUUGAAAACACCAUAGGGACGCUCAACAUCCUUCCUAGCACUCUAUUGAUCUUGGGCAUAUCAUGGAAUAAGUCGGCCAGUGACAAGGUAGCAUACCUAGGUAGAGACGACAUAGAUGAGGUGGCUGGGAGGGAUACAGACGGAUGGUUGGCGGCGUCGAUGGAAGGUGGGAUGGACGGGUGAGUUUGAGGCGAAGAGAGAAAGAUGAGAUUGGCCUAUUUGGGCCAGUGGAAAGAAAAGGGCGGGUGUCACGGGCGUCAAUCCCGUGUUCGUGCCGAUGCAAAUGCGGUCAAAUUUGGGCAUGGAAUGGGUCACAGGUGGACAUAAACAAGACGUGUGUCCGUUUGGUUCGCCGCAUUGGGUCGAGUGUUGUGUUAGCGAUGACCCAAACGGACAGGCAUGGACGAAAUGGGUCGGCCGGUUGGAUUUGCUCUUACUAAUCCAAUCUAGGAGCUUUGGUUUUAUACAAGCCUUAACACCAUGUUCAAGAAGAGAUGGCAUGUCCAAGUUUACAACACCAAGUGGGAUUGGUUGACCGCUCCCCUAUGAAGAUAUUGACAUUUCUAAUAAUACAAAUAUUAGUUCCAAGAACACAACUUCAAAUAAGAAAGGGUGUCCAAAUCAUUUACAAGCAGCAUCCAUACAUCGUGUACUAUUUUGUCAAGGGAUCCAAUUAAUCUGCAAAUAAGCCCAAAUCCUUUGACUCAAAUUAUAGGGAGAAAAAGAGGUGGUCUAUUUUCUCAUGUGACAAUAGUGGUUUUCAUCCUGAGGAGAAUGCGAGUGAUCUUCUAAGAGAAAUUUUUCAAGCCUUCAAUCGAUAAAAAAAUAGGAUCUAAGCAAAGAUCUUGAUCUUAGUGGUCCACUGUCAUAUCCAUUUGCAAGGUUCAUAUCUGGGCAAGUGCAUGCAUCAUGGAGUACAAACUCUCAGAAGAAAAUGAUUCUCUUAAUGAAGAACAAGUAAGACAAGGUUGCGGUACGUUGAAGGUUAUGUAACCUACCAUCCACAGGUUGCAAUUCAUCCAUCGCCUCCGGAGAAAUUGGAGGAGCAAAAGAUGGCCCAAUCAGGGUUUUCGACAAAAUCUUCAAUUGAAAUGUAGUCAUCCAAGGCAAAGAAAGGAGCUUUUCCAAGUGGUGUUGAAGAGAUCGAGGAGAUCCCUCAACCAACUAGGUUCACACAAGAACAAGGAAGAGUCGCUCGUACUAACUUUCAUUGAUCAUAUGGUGUUGUACUAAUCGUUAAAUUCAAACAUAUUCAUCCAUGUUGCGACAGGUAUGACUCCAUGAUAGUAAGAAAUCCAUAUCAAAGUUUCCCAUGGAAGAUGAUCUUUGUUAUUAAAUUUGCCUCAAUGUUCUGUAAGAAAAGCUCGGUCUUGAAUAUGAUGGUUAAUGAUACCCAUACCUACCCAUACCACCAUUCUCCUUUGGUUUACAUACCAGAUGAAAUGACGCUAAUGGUUGCUUUGGGCUAUCAGCAUUGCCAUGCCGCCUCAAUUCCCUCAAGUUCAUUAAUUAUACCAGGGGGUCUAGAGACUACACCCAUAGUAUAUAGCACAAAUGAAAUGGCAGAGCUCAAAAUUUCAAUUUACCUUGUCAGAGAUAGAGAAGAGCUAGCUACCAGUCACCUUUUGAUUCUAUCAACCAAAGGCAUUAAGUCCUGGAUCUUGGGCGUAGUGUUACCCAUAGGUAAACCAGGUAAAUGAAAGGAAUCUUACCCAGUUGACACUCAAACAUACUAACCAACGAAAAUAUUCAUCGUCAAUCACAUUCAUAAGCACCAUAGAGGAUUUACAAAAAUUCACUUUCAAACGAGUGGAUUUAGAUAAAGAUUAAAACAUUUCUUUUAGGUCAAUAAGUUGAGAAUCAAUACCCAGCCUGAACAGCAGACUACACAACUCGAGAGUCUAGAUACUGAGAUGGGAUUGGAAAAGAUACCUCCUCACGAUGAUACAUGUUAUUGUGAAUACGCUGAAGUAAAUCCUCUCCCAAGAAAAAUAGAAGUGGCAACAGUGGGUCACCCUAUUAAAUCCUAGGUUUUCAUUGUAAUUGCUAAAAGUAGGUGGAUGUCGCCUAGGGGGCGUGAAUAGGCGUUUUAAAAUAAUUACAUUUUAGGCAAGAAAAAAUGCCCAAUAAAACUAACGUUUAAUUAGUCAAGCACAAAACCUAAAACAACUAGGCUCACCUAUGUACACCAACAAGUUAUGCUAAGCAAGAUCAACAACUAAAUGAUAGCAAGGUAUUUGACGAGAAACAAUAUGUCUAUCACAAAGUAAAGUGCAUAAGUAAAGUGCUCGGGUAAGAGAUAACCGAGGCACGCAGAGACGACGAUGUAUCCCUAAGUUUACAUCCUUGUGGAUGCUAAUCUCCGUUUGGAGUGGUGUGGAGGCACAAUGCUCCCCAAGAAUCCACUAGGGCCAACAUAAUCUUCUCAUGCCCUCGCACAAUACAAGAUGCCGUGAUUCCACUAAGGAACCCUUGAGGGCGGUCACCGAAACUGAAAGCACAUAUGCUCCCUUGGUGGUUUUGAUAAUUCAUGACAACAUACAUUGUCUCUUGCACUAACACUUUCACCUAGUAUAUUUCAGGUAUAGUCCACAAAGAGCAUUGGCUAAAUGAUUGUGUGGAGAAGUUCCAAGGAAAGGAAUAGGAUUGUCCAAGGUUCAAGCAAGAGGACUCUAUAUUUUAUAUUUGUGAGAAAUCAAUUUUGAGUCCAUAAAAAGCCAAUACUAUUAAAAGGGGUGAGGUAUGUGUGAUGAAUUGGUUGUUCAAGUGCUUAGGGAUAGACACAAAAAAUAUUCAGUGAUUCUCCCACAAAUAUAUCUGUCCAAAGCCUUCACAUCAAAAUUGGUGCCACCAAGAAUUCUAUUUCGUCCCUAUCUAUUUUCCGAGUGACAGAUCCUUUGCACAAACCCUAAUCUCUCGGUACCACCAACUUUCAUAUUGGUGCCACCAAAAGACAGUGACCAACUUUUUGGUAUCUCUAUUUCUAGAAUUGGAAUUUCCGAGAUUGAAAUCGGUACCACCGAGAAUUGGAAACUGCCCUAGGUCAUCGAGUCGGUACCACCAAGAUUUCUAUAUCGGUCUCACCAAAAAUUAAAAAGUUGUCACGUUUAGUGCAACUCGGUACCACCGAGAUUAAUUUCGCUGUCACUGAGUUGGGCAAUAAUUUUGUAAUGGUUGGAUUUUGGGAGAUGCCUAUAUAUACCCUUCCACCUCCAUUCAUUCGCAUAGGAAGCACUCAGAACACACUUACACUUGCCAUAUCCAUUUUUUCAGAGAGAGAGCCACCUACUCAUGUGUUGAGAUCAAGAGAUUCCAAUCCAUCCAUUUUAAACUACAUCUCUAGCCUCCCGAAGUUGCUUUCCACCAAAUCAAUCUCUCCUAGCCAUGUCAAAUCUAUGAGAGAGUGAUUGAGUGUUGAGGAGACUAUCUUUUGAAGCACAAGAGCAAGGACUUCAUCGUUCUACCGCAUCUAUUACCUUUUGGAGGGUGGUGCCUCCUAGAUUGGUUAAGUGUUGCUUGGGAGCCUCCUACUUCAUGUUGUGGAAUUGAACCAAGAAGUUUGUACGGGCAAGGAUAUCGCCUACAACGUGAAGAUCUACCCUCAGUGAGGCUAGUCCUAUGUGGACGUAAGCCACGAUGGAAUAUACAAGGCAGCUUCUUCGUGGACCCCUUGUGGGUGGAGCCCUCAAUGGACUCUUGAAGUCGUUACCCUGUGUGCGUUGAAGUCUCCAUUAACGUGGACGUACAAUAGCACUAGCUAUCUAAACCACGCCAAAAAUCACCGUGUCUUCUUUGCGUUUGAUCUUCCUAAACUCUACUCCUUACUUACAUGUGCAAUGCUUUACUUUCCGCUGCCAUAUAUGUUGACUAGCAUGUGUAGGGUGCACUAGACUUGUUAGAAUUGCUAAAAUCUACCAACCAUUAAAAUUGGGAAAAGGCUAGGAUUUUAAUUUUUCCAAUUAGACUAUUCACCCCCUAGACAUCCCUUCUAGUGAUCCCACAAUUUGUAAUAGAUAUUUGGCCUCCAUAGCCUGGGUUUAAUCACCAUUGGAGGAAGAUGGAUGUGCGUAGUUUGGGGAACCUUAGUUGUAGAGUGUCUAUUCUCGAUGGAGAGUAAUUUAGACAAUGGAAAUAUGAAAUGUUUCAUAUAUUGAAUGAAUUCCAUUUGCGCUAGUAUGUUGAAUAUCCCUAUGUGUCUCCCAUUGAUCCCUUACAUCCUUCUCAUGAUGAUGAUGAAGUUAAUAUGCUUGGUAAUGUUAAAACUAUUAAUCUUAUCAUUAGAGGACUGCCAAGAAAUGUGCUUAAGCAAAUGAAGAACUUUGAAUUUGCUUAUACUUUGGGGAAAUAUUUGGAGAAAAGAUACCCCGACUACUGCCAAUAAUAACACUUAGUUUUUGGCUUAGGUCCAGCCUUGGGUUUCUUCGUCGGAGGGGCAACAGAUUUUCCACUCUUCUUGGAGUUACCCUUCUUUCCUUUGUCGUUAUUCUUGAAACUGGUGGUCUUAUUGACCAUCAACACUUGAUGUUCUUUCUGGAUUUCUGACUCUGCCACUUUCAGCAUCACAAACAGCUCGGCGAGUGAGUUAUUCAUCCCUUGCAUGUUAUAGUUCAACAAGAAGCUCUUAUAGCUAGGUGGAAGUGACUGAAGAACUCUGUCAGUGACAGCCUCUUGCAGGAGUUCAAUCCCCAGCUGAGCUAGAUGGUUAGAGUACCCAGACAUUCUGAGUAUGUGUUCACUGGCAGACCCGUUCUCCUCCAUUUUGCAAUCAUAGAACUUAUCGGAGGUCUCAUACCUCUCGAUCCGGGCAUUCUUCUCAAAGAUAAACUUCAACUCCUGCAACAUCUAAUAUGCUCCAUGACGUUCAAAACGUCUUUGAAGUCCUGGUUCUAAGCCAUACAAAACUGCACAUCGAACUCAUGAGUAGUCAUCCUUACGCGACUACCAAGUGUUCAAAACAUCUUUGUCGCCGUAGCGGCUUGUGCAUCACCUAGCGCAACAUCAAGGACAUAUUGCUUUUGGCCAGAUGUGAGGAUAAGCCUCAGAUUACAAGUCCAGUGAACAAAGUUGCUUCCAUCAUAUUUCAACUUAGCUUUCUCUAGGGACGUAUUAAAAUUCAGCAUUGCUACUGCGUGAGCCAUUGAUCUACAACAUAAAUUUUUGCAAAUAUUACUUAGAUUAUGUUCAAGAAAAUUGAAUUUAGCUAAUCAUAUUACUAAUAAACUCCCACUCAAAUUGACAUCCCUCUAGUCAUUCGAGUGUCGCAUGAUCCAAAUUCACUAACUCAAGUCUGGUCAUCACGUGAGUUGAGUAUAGUUUCAAUGGUGAACAUCUACAUGUUGAUCAUAUCAACUAUGUGAUUCAUGCUCGACCUUUCGGUCUCUUGUGUUUCGAGGCCAUGUCUUUACAUCCUAGGCUCAUCAAGUUUAACCCGAGUGUUCCACGUGUGCAACUGUUUUGCACCCUUUGUAUGUGAAGUUGAGUCUAUCACACCCGAUUAUCACCUGUUGUCUCAAAACGACGAACUGCCGCAACGGCGCACAGUCGGGGAGAACACAACUUUAUCUUGAAAUUUUAGUAAGAGAUCACCUUAUAAUGGUACCGUCGUUUUAAGAAAAAUAAGGUGCAUAAAAGGAUUAACAUCACAUGCAAAUCAUAAGUGACAUGAUAUGGCCAUAAACUUGUGCUUCUUGAUCUCCAUCAGCAAAGCACCGGCAUGAUCUCCAUCGUCACCGGCGCCACACCAUGAUCUCCAUCAUCGUACUGCCAUCGAGGUUGUCGCGCUAACUAUGCUUUUACUAAUAAAGCUACUACUAGCGAUAAAGCAAAGCAUCACCAAGGGCAAAAAUAAUUAAAGACAACCCUAUGGCUCCUGCCGGUUGCCGUAGCAUCGACGUGCAAGUCGAUAUUUAACUACUACAACAUGAUCAUCUCAUACAUCCAAUAUAUCAUAUCAUGUAUUUGGCCAUAUCAUAUCACAUGCAUACCGUGUAAAAACGAGUUAGACGUCCUCUAAUUUGUUGUUGCAAAUUUUACGUGGUUGCUAUGGGUAUCUAUUAUGAUCGCAUCUUACUUACGCAAAGCCACAACGCUGAUAUGCAAAUUGCUAUUUAAUCUUCUCCAAGGAACACCUUGGUCAAAUCCGAUUCAACUAAAGUUGAAGAAACAAACACCCUCCAGUCAACUUUAUGCAACAAGUUGCAUGUUAGUCGAUGAAGCCGGUCUCUCGUAAGCGUACGAGUAAUGUUGGUCCGGUCGCUUCGAUCCAACAAUACCGCUGAAUCAAGAAAAGACUAAGGAGGGCAGCAAAUUGAACAUCAACGCCCACAAACUCUUUUAUGUUCUACUCGAGAUAUCAUCUACGCAUGAACCUAGCUCAUGAUGCCACUUUUGGGGAACGUUUCAUGGGAAACAAAAAAUUUCCUACACAUACGAAAGACCUAUCAUGGUGAUUAUCAUCUACGAGAGGGGAGAUCGGAUCCACAUACCCUUGUAGAUCGCUAAGUGGGAAGCGUUAAGAAACGUGGUUGAUGUAGUCGAACAUCUUCGCUAUCCAAUCACGAUCCAUCCCACGAACUGCGUCCCGAUCUAGUACUGAACGGACGACACCUCCGCGUUCAGCACACGUACAACUUGAUGACAAUCUGCGCCUUCUUGAUCCAACAAGAGAGACAAAGAAGUAGCUGAAUUCUCUGACAACACGAUGGCACGGCAGUGAUGGUGGUGGAGCUACUCCGGUAGGGCUUCACCGUGUCGUACUUAACUAGCUACGGGGUGUCACGAAGUAGUGGAGGGAGAGAGGGCUGCACAAAGACUUGGGGUGCAAAAACCCUCUCAAACCUCCACUAUAUAUAGGAGGAACAAGUGAGAGGGUGGCUUGCCUCCUACUCCAAGUAGGAGGGUUUGGACGAGCCCAAGAGGGAGGAGUCCUCCACCAAUUCGGUUUGGUGGAGGACUCCUUCCCAUCUUGUCCACCUCCUUCCUUUUAUUUUCUUUUUUACUUCUUAUUAUUGCUUUUAGCCAUUAUAGGCUUAUUGGGCUGGCCUCAACAGCCCACUAAAGGCUGGGGCGCCACCCAUGGGCCUAUUAGGUCCUAUCCCGAGUGGGUGGCCCCUCCCGGUAAAACCCCAGAACCAGUUCGUCUCUCUCGGUACUUUAGCGGUAAUGCCCGAAAUCUUUCCGAAAGCCUAUAUAUCAAUUGUUGUUUCCGGACCAUUCCGGAGACCCUCGUGACGUCCGAGAUCUCAUCUGGGACUCCAAACAACAAUCGGUUACCAACAUCAAUAAUUCAACAAUACCAAAACGUCACCGAACCUUAAGUUUGCACACCCUGCGGGUUCGAGAACUGUGUAGACUUGAUCGAGACACUCUCCAGCCAAUAUCCAAUAGCGGGACCUGGAUGCCCAUAUUUGAUCCUACAUAUUCUACGAAGAUCUUAUCGGUCCAACCUCUAUGUCAAUGAUUCAGUUAAUCCCGUGUAAUGUUCCCUUUGUCCUUCGGUAUGUUACUUGCCCGGGAAUCGAUCGUCGGUAUCUCUAUACCUAGUUCAAUCCCAUUAAUGGCAAAUCUCUUUACUCGUUCCGUAAUACAGUAUCCCGUGGCUAACUCUUUAUUCACAUUUCUUGCAAGGCUUAUUGUGAUGUUGUAGUACUAAGUGGGCCCCGAGAUACCUCUGCAUCAGAAGGAGUGAUAAAUCCCAGUCUUGAUGCACGCCAACCCAACAUACACUUUCGGAGAUACCUGUAGAGCACCUUUAUAGUCAUCCAGUUACGUUGCGACAUUUAAUACACACAAGAUAUUCCUCCGUUGUUCGGGAGUUGCAUGAUCUCAUAGUCAUAGGAAUAGAUACUUGACACACAGAAAACAAUAGCAACAAAAUGACACAAUCACAUGCUAUGUUUAUAGUUUGGGUCUUGUCCAUCACAUCAUUCCCCCAAUGAUGUGAUCUCGUUAUCCAUUGACAACACUUGUCUAUGGCUAGGAAACCUUAACCAUCUUUGAUCAAUGAGCUAGUCAACUAGAGGUUUACUAGGGACAAUAUUUCGUCUAUGUAUCUACACAUGUAUCUGUGUUUCCAUUCAAUACAAUUCUAGCACUGGAAACAGGAAAUAUAAUAAUAACUAAUUUAUAAUUGCCUCUAGGUCAUAUUUCCAAGAGAGGAAGCUCCACCAUCCAACAAGAAGAAGCUCUCAUGAGUUCGAGAAAAGAGUGGACAAGGAUUAUCCGCUGAAUCAAAUCUUCGUUGACAUACAAACUGGGAGAAUUACUCACUCUAAAACUUGUUUAGGUAACUUUUGGAGCAUUACUCAUUAUCUCUGGCAUAGAGCCUAUGAAGGUACAAGAAUCCCUUCAAGACCCAUAUUGGGUGAAUGCGAUGCAUGGAGUGUUACACAGAUUCACGAGGAAUGACGUUUUUACACUUGUGGAAAAGCCCAAGGACGAGAAAAGCGUCAUUGGUACAAAAUGGGUAUUUGGCAACAAGCAAGAUGAACAUGGUCAAUUUGUACGCAACAAGGCGUGUCUCAUAGCCCAAGGAUACACGCAAGUUGAUACGUCUCAAACGUAUCUAUAAUUUUUGAUGGUUUCAUGUUGUUAUCUUGUCAACUUUGGAUGUUUUAUAUACCUUUUAGAUCUUUUUUGGGACUAACUUAUUAAUUCAGUGCCAAGUGCGAGUUCCUGUUUUUUCUGUGUUUUUGACUCUUUUCAGAUCUGAUUUUGGAACGGAGUCCAAACGAAAUAAAAUCCCCGAAAUAAAUUUUGAGGGCCAAGGCAGGAGGCCCAUAGGGAGCCCACAAGCCGUGACGCUGCGGCCAGGGGGGCCGCGGCGACCAGGCUUCUGGCCUCCCUGGCGCUCCCCUGCCCGAGCUCUUUCGCCUAUAUAUUCCCUAAAAUCCCAGAAAAAAUCAGGGCAUCCACGAAAACACUUUUCCGCCGCCGCAAGCUUCCGUUUCCGCGAGAUCUCAUCUGGAGACCCUUCCCAGUGCCCUGCCGGAGGGGACUUUGGAGUUGGAGGGCUUCUACAUCAACAUCAUCGCCUCUCCAAUGACUCGUGAGUAGUCCACUUCAGACCUACGGGUCCGUAGUUAGUAGCUAGAUGGCUUCUUCUCUCUCUUGGAUCUACAAUACAAUGUUUUCCAUGAUCUUCAUGGAGAUCUAUCCGAUGUAAUCCUCUUUGGCGGUGUGUUUGUCGAGAUCCGAUAAAUUGUGGAUUUGUGGUCAGAUUAUCUAUGAAUUAUAUUUGAGUCUUUGCUGAUUUCUUAUAUGCAUGAUUUGAUAUCCUUGUAAGUCUCUCCGAGUCUUGGGUUUUGUUUGGCCAACUAGAUCUAUGAUUCUUGCAAUGGGAGAAGUGCUUGGUUUUGGGUUCAUACCGUGAGGUGACCUUUCCCAGUGAUAGAAGGGGCAGCAAGGCACACAGGGGAUAGGUGCCAUCAAGGGUAACAAGAUGGGAUUUUAGUCAUAGAUUUGAGAUUGUUCAUCUACAUCAUGUCAUCUUGCUUAGAUGCAUGCUGGAUAGCGGUCGACGUGUGGAGUAAUAGUAGUAGAUAAAGAAAGUAUCGGUCUACUUGUUUUGGACGUGAUGCCUAUAGAUAUGAUCAUUGCCAUAGAUAACGUCAUGACUUUGCACGGUUCUAUCAAUUGCUUGACAGUAAUUCGUUGACCCACCGUCUACUUGCUUUCAUGAGAGAAGCCACUGGUGAACACUACGGCCCCCGGGUCUAUUCACAACUAUCGCUUCCACUUUUACUUUUACUUUGCUUUGUUUACUUUUUGCUUUCAGUUCUCACUUUGCAAACAAUCUAUAAGGGAUUGACAACCCCUUCAUAGCGUUGGGUGCAAGCUCUUUGUGUUUGUGCAGGUACUUGUGACUUGACGCGAUCCUCCUACUAGAUUGAUACCUUGGUUCUCAAACUGAGGGAAAUACUUACCGUCGCUGUGCUACAUCACCCUUUCCUCUUCAAGGGAACACCAACGCAAGGCUCCAAGGCCGCGGGGGAAUCCUUUGCAUAUUUGCCAAGGAAGUUCCUAUAGGCAUAGCCCGUAGCAGAAGGAUUCCUGGCGCUGUUGCCAGGGAGGGUCUUUUGUUGCCGUAGCAGAAGUAUUUCUGGAGCCGUUGACGGGGAGGAUCGCUUGCCAAGGAGUAUCAAGACAGGAAUAAUCUCCCAUCAACACACCUAUUUCUGGCGCCGUUGCCGGGGAGAGAUCAAGUCAAGAUCUAUCCAAGUAGGUGUCACAAACUCAUCUCUUGCAUUUACCUUUUUUCCCAGUUGCCUCUCGUUUUCCUCUCCCCCACUUCACAUUUGCCGUUUUCAUUCGCCUUUUUCGUUUGCCUUUUUGGUUCACCCUUUUCUCUCGCUUGCUUUCUGUUCGCUUGUGUGCCAUGUGCCUUCAAUAUGUUUGCAUCUUCGCUUGCUGAAAAUCUAGUGAUAUGGAUCCUCAUCCACUUGCUAAUCUCUUUAAGAGAUCCAAUUAUGUUGAUCCAAUUGCUAGUGAGUUGAGUGCACUUAUGUAUCUUUAUGGAGUUUUGCUUGAGAUGCGUGAAUCUGAAAAUUGUGAGGAAGAAAUUUAUGAAGUGAUUGACGAGGGCUCCUUGGAUGAAAAGCAUGAUUGCAAUGGUUUCACUAUAAAUUCUAUUAGUGACAAUCAUGCUAAGAAUAUGGAAAACCCUAAGCUUGCAGAUGCUAGUUUUGCUAUGUCCCCUACUUGUUGCAAUGAUCAUGAGUGGGGCGAUGAUUUUUCUUAUGAUCUUGAAAAUUUGUUUAAGCCUCAUGAUGAAUAUGAUAUUUGCAAUAUCAUUGAAAGUGGGUUUGGAGAAAUCAUGACUUUAGUUGAUGAUAAUCCGACUAUUUUUGAAGAGCGUCAACUUUGCAUGCAUGUGGAUCAUGAAAAGAAUAUCCUAUGUGAUAGUUACAUUGUUUAAUUCGAAUAUGAUCCCACAUGUAAUUACUAUGAGAGAGGAAAAUAUUGUGGUAGAAACUUUCAUGUUACCAAAUUACCUCUCGUUAUGUGGAGAUUGCUAUUGUCUCUUUCUUCUUCCUUGCAUACGGUAACUAUUGGUUGUCUUGACAAUCUGUUUUCCUAUAAAAUGCCUAUGCAUAGGAAGUAUGUUAGACUUAGAUGUGAUUUUCCCAUGCUUUAUGAUGCUCUCGUUGUGCUUCAAUUCUUGUCUUUUGUGUGAGCAUCAUUGAAUUAUCAAUGCCUAGCUAAGGGCGUUAAGCAAUAGCUCUUGUUGGGAGGCAACCCAAUGAAUUUAUCUUUUUCUUUCUGUUUUGUGUUUUCCACACUUUCAUAAUUCUGUUAUGAUUGUGUUUUUUGUGUUUCUUUUGCGUUUGUGCCAAGUAAAACUGUUAUGAUUAGUCUUGGGGAUGAUCGUUUGGUCAUGCUGGAAAAGACAGAAACUUUCUGCUCACGAAAAGAAUUUUCAUUUUGUUUCUGUAAGAGCUUUUGAGUUGAUUCUUUUUGCUUCUGAUUUCUAUGCAAAUUCUUCAGACUGUCGUAAUUGGUCGGAAUUUUUGAAGUACCAGAAGUAUACGAAGUAUACAUAUUACUACAGACUGGUCUGCUGUUAAUAGAUUCUGUUUUUGUUGAGUUGGUCGAUUAUUUUGAUGAAACUAUGGAUAGUAUCGGGGGGGGGGGGGUAUUAGCCAUGGAAGAUUGAAAAUACAGUAACCCAACAUCAACAUAACUAGAAUUUAAUUUUCCUAUAGUACCUAAGGAAGUGGUGGUUUGCUUUCUUAUACUAAUGAUAUCACGAGUUUCUGUUUAAGAUUCGUGUUGUGAAGUUUUCAAGUUUUGUGUGAAGUUCUUAUGGACAAAGAGAUAAAGAGUGGCAAGAGCUCAAGGUUGGCGAUGCCCAAGGCACCCCAAGUGGAUUCAAGGAUGCCAAAAAAGCCUAAGCUUGGGGAUGCCCCGGGAAGGCAUCCCCUCUUUCGUCUUCAAUCCAUCGGUAAUGUUACUUGGGGCUAUAUUUUUAUUCACCACAUGUUAUGUGUUUUGGUUGGAGCGUCUUGUACCGUAGGAGUCUUUUAUUUAUUUUGUUCCACAAUAUUCCUUGCUGCACACUUAGAGAGAGAGACAUGCGCUCACUGUGAUUUUGUCGAGCUUCACUUAUAUCCUUUGGUUAGACAAUUCAGCUCACAUGUGUUUCACUUAUAUCUUUUGAGCUUGUUGAUUUUUCUCUAUGUGUUUCACUUCUAUCUUUUAGAGCACGGAACCGCUUGGCGUGGUAGUUGAUCUAUGCUAUGAAAGUAGUCUCAAAAGGGGUAGUUAUACAAAGGAAUAUGAAAACUUCCACCUUCAUGUGCAUUGAGUAGUUAGAGAAGUUUGAUUCAUCUCAAUCAGUUUUGAGUUGUGGUUGUGGUAAUAUUAAAGUUAUAUUAGUAAGGUGUAGUGGAUCUAGAAAUACUUGUGUUGAAGUUAGUGAUUCCGGUAGCAUGCACGUAUGGUGAACCGCUAUGUGAUGAAGUCUGAGCAUGAUUAGUAUAUUGAUUGUCAUCCUUUGUGUGGUGGUCGGGAUCACGCGAUGGUUUAUACCUACCAACCCUUCCCCUAGGAGUAUGCGUUGAAUGCUUUGUUUCGAUUACUAGUAGAACUUUUGCAACAAGUAUAUGAGUUCUUCAUGACUAAUGUUGCGUCCAUGGUCUAGAUGCACUUUCAGCUUCCGCCAUCACUAUCUUCUUUAGUGCCGUGCAACUUUCGCCUGUGCAUAAAACCCACCAUUAGCCUCCCUCAAAACAACCACCAUACCUACCUACUAUGGUUUUUUCAAAGCCAUUCCGAGAUAUAUUGCCAUGAAACUACCACCAUGACAUGUGCCACCACUUCUACAUUGCCAUUGCAUGAUCAUAAGAUAGCUAGCAUGAUGUUUCCAUUGAUGUCUAUGCCAUGCUAGAUCAUUGUCACGGUACACUACCGAAGUCAUUCCAUAUAGAGUCAUCAUUGCUCUAAGUUUUGAGUUGUAAGUGUGAUGAUCAUCAUUGAUGGAUCAUUGUCCCAUGUGAGGAAAUAAAAGAGGCCAAAGAUGCCCACCAAAAAAAAGAAGGCCAAAGAGCCCACCAAAAAAAAUAGAGAGAAAAAGAGAGAAGGGACAAUGCUACUAUCUUUCCACAAUUGUGAUUAUUAAGUACCAUGAUUUUCAUGAUUGAGAGUCUCUCGUUUUGUCACCACCAUAAAGCUAGUGGGAAAUUUUUAUUAUAUAACUUGGCUUGCAUAUUCAAAUGAUAGGCUUCCUCAAAAUUGCCUUAGGUCUUCGUGAGCAAGAAAGUUGGAUGAAGAUGGGGAGGAACCACCUCCUCCUAAUGGCAACCCACACCCUCAGUUUGGCCCUGAGCUCACUGGUGAGCAAUUGUACCAACAGCAAGUGCAUAACUGGCUAGUUCAAAAUGCAGCUCAACCUUAGGGGGCUCCUCCUGCUCAUGAAGCCCCAUAGCAACAGGAUCAGCACAAUGGAUGGGGAGUGUGGCCAGCCUCACCACCAUAGGCACCACAAUUACCUCCUUAUGUCUACAACUUUCAAGCUUGGCUUGCUGCCCAGGGACUACAAGUGCAAGAUGGCCUGCUUCCUGAAGAUAACAUCUCAGAUAGUGCUUCCCAAGCUUGGAAUGAUGCUAUAUCCAACUCCAACAACUCUGCUAGCACCAACCUAUCUGCUGGAUCUCUGAAUCCCCUGGUGAUACACUCUCAAACACAUCAGCUGCAACACUCUGAGGGUCUUUUGAGAAUCUCCCUGGAAGUUCACAAUAGUGGAAUUCGCUUUGGCUUAUCUGAACAUGGAGAAUCAGUGCUCACCCUGCUACUAACUGAUCCAGCUCCAAGACAGCAGCUAAAUGACUUCAUCUUUAGAGCCAUCAAACCUCUAAUGGCUUAUAGAGGCCCUUGGAAUGCUGAUUAUGGUUUCAAGCAUGAAUGCAUGCAGGUGGAAGUUGCAGUUGCUCUGCGUGAUGAUGGCAUAAUAUUUAGCAACACCUAUCCUACUCUCCCCAUGAGCACUACAUCAUCUACUGUUAUCAUAGAAGCACUAUCCCCUGAGCAGGCACUGGCUCCAACUAUUGAUCCUACGGAUCCAUUGGAAAUAGAAUGCAGCAUGGAUCAGGAACUACAAGUCAGCAAGAUUCCUCUGAAGCAGAAAGGCAAAAUGAAACUGCAAGUAGAUACUUCCAACCUUCGCCGCAGCCUGAGAUCAAACAAGUAUGAUGGUUUCAAGAUCCCAUCCAUGGCAGAGGGCAAGAUCACUAAAUCCAAAGUUAAGCCCAGGAUGAUUCCCAAUAUUGCUCUUCAGGAAGUUGAUCGUGCUCUGACACUUGAGGUUCCCCCUCCUACUGCCAUCAACACCAUGCAAGCCAUUGGGACGCAGCUGUGUGCCAUACCUGAAACAGAGCUUGCAGACUCGGAGCUUCUUCGAGAAGAUCCAGGCCCGACAGAUGGCCAAGUUUGAUAUUGUGCCUGACCCACCUCCUCUUUGAAUCUCUAUGGUACUUUUGCGUAGUUGGAACGUCUUAUGUUGGAAUAUUCGUGGACUUAAUUCGCCCAAAAAACAUCUAGCUCUAUCGAAUGCUAUUCGUGACAGCAGUUGCUCCAUCAUUUGCUUACAAGAAUCGAAAAUGACCUCAUUUGAUGAACAUGCUUUACGUACAUUGUGUCCUAAACGAUUUGACAAAUUUGCAUAUAUUCCCUCCCGAGGGGCUUCUGGUGGGAUAGUCACGAUUUGGAACAGCUCUAUAUUUAUAGGAACUACAUUUGUAGAAGAGGAUUUCGUGUUAGGGGUCCAGUUCUCAUCAACACAAACUUUGCAUACCUGGAAGCUAUUGAACAUAUAUGGCCCCUGCCAAGGGGAUCAAAGGGUUUGUUUCACAUCUUGGCUCUUUGAUCUUGACAUUGUGGCAACUGAGGAUUGGUUGAUCCUAGGGGAUUUCAACUUCAUUAGGGCACCAACGAACUGCAAUCUACCCGGAGGUAACAUUCAAGACAUGUUUACGUUUAAUGAAUUCAUCAGUGAGCAGAUGUUAACGGAGAUCCCAAUCAAAGGCCGACCAUAUACAUGGUCGAACAUGCAGCUAAACCCUUUGCUCGAACAACUCNNNNNNNNNNNNNNNNNNNNNNNNNNNNNNNNNNNNNNNNNNNNNNNNNNNNNNNNNNNNNNNNNNNNNNNNNNNNNNNNNNNNNNNNNNNNNNNNNNNNUAUAAGGCAGCGAAUACAUCAUACGAUCAGCCAAAGACGCCACAUAGUUCUUUCAGGAAAAGAAGACAUCGUGGGAUUGGAGGGCAAGACAGACAUGUGUGAAGAUUAUGAAAAGUUUCAUGAAGUUCCUCCCUUCAAAGUAAAGGCUGACCCAAGCACCCUGUUAAACGAUGAAGAUUCACUAGUAGGGAAAACCUUAUACAUAGAACAAUAGCAGCGGUGCUGGAUAAAAGGCGGCGCUACUGCUACAUAUCAGUAGCAUGCUUCCAGUACAGGCGCUACUGCAAACUACUUAUCAGUAGCGCGGCUUUAGGAAACACGCUACUACUAAUAUUGCCCCACUGUUGCCGACGGAGCUAGAUUUAGUAGUAGCCCGCCCCGAAUACCAACACUACUACUAAAAGAAUAGUAGCAGCGCGUUUUUACAACCGCGCUAAUACUAAGUGGGGCACUUAUCAUUUCGUCGCCCCCACAGGCCCCUCUCUCACUCUCUCCCUCUCUCCCUCUCCACACUCCGCCGUCGCCGCCGCACCGCACUCCCUCCCUCACCACUCUGCACCGCCGCCGCCGCCCCGCACUCCCUCUCUCCCCACUCUGCGUCGCCGCCCCGCCCCUGCCUCACCGACACCCCUGCCUCGUUAUCGCCCCUGCCUCGCCGACGUGGACACCCCUGCCUCGCCGACACCCUUCCUCCUACAUCGUCGACGCCACCUCCUCCACCCGCUGCUGUCGAUCUCACCACCGUAAGUCCCUCUCCCCUCCCCUCUUCUCUAUAGAUACACUAGUGGGGACAGGGCCUAUAGCCCCGGCCCGUAAGGGGCUUUAGUCCCGGUUCACCAACCGGGACUAAAGGGGCGGGACUAAAGGCCUAACCUUUUCGUCCCGGCCCUCUUACACGCCGGGACUAAAGGUGCUCCACGUGGGCGCCUCGUAGCGCCCCACAGGCAGGCCCUUUAGUCCUGGUUCGUUACACGGUCCGGGACUAAAGAUUUUCAGAUUUUGCUGGCUUUUGGGUUUUUUUUGAAUAAAUUAUUUUGGGUUUUAGGGUUUUAGGGUUUAGGUGUUCAGGAGAUUAACGUGAUGCCUCGUUUUGUGUUCGGGAAUUAGUUUUCAUAUAAUUUAAAAUAGAAAUAAUUAUGCAUAUAUAUAUAUAUAAGAUUAACUUAUCUUACAAGCGAUCAUAUAUAUACAAUUAUAUGGAGAUCUGAAUUAUCGAGACUAGAGCCCGUCUAUUCGAUUACAUGGACGAACAUGAGUAAUGGCCCUUAGCUACACUAAAUCGUCAUGUGUCUUCUAUAGCUUCCGUCCUCAGAAAUCCCGCAAGCUCCUCUGCAACAGCAAUCGCGCGUUGCUCUGGUAGGACCUUCGUCCUCAUGGCCGUGUGCUAUAUAAGAAGAGGAGAUGAAUAUGAAUAUCAAUCAUGAUAACAAAGAAUGACAGGUAAAAAUAGAGGUGUGAAUGUUCAUUGCUUACGUCGAAUCUAUGCUCCUUGAACUCAGAGGUAAACGUGCGAAUGGUCUCGCAAACAUAGUAUCCGCAUAGAUGCGUUCCCCGUGGCUGCUGGUCGCACUUUACGAGAAUGGAAUAUAUAUAAUCAAAAUAAUAAUCUAGCAUCAUAAAUGUAUUGAAAAUUAAUAGAAGUAUAUCAUACUACUACUUACCUGAGCCGCUCUAAAGGUCAGCUUCUCAGGAAAGUUACCGGGAGUCACGCACUUGAACCGAUUCCAAACCCUGCCCGACAAGGAUAAUGAUUUACUAAGUUUUUCAUUAAUUGAUAUAUCAGAAAAUCAUCGAAAGAGACCGAUAGAGCGCAAGAAUGAUUAAAAUUACCCUUGGAGCAUGUCCUGUAGGCUUUGGAACUGUUCCAAGGGUCUCGAUAAUGGGUCGAAGGCAUCAACCCUUCCCUUAUCAAUUUGAAUGUCCAACAGAAUCCAAUGGAAGCUGCACACGUAUAUAUAUAUAUGUGUGUGUGUGAGUAACUUAUCAAUUACACUUAUAAGUGAAUGGACACAACAGAGUAAAGACCCUCACCUGAAGUUGUAUGGAAACAGUAUGUGGUCAUAGAAAUUUUGAUCUCUUAGAAACCUUAGAAGGUUUUCCUCCGUCUCCUUGGGAUAAUUAGUUAGCGUCGCUAUAUGUAUUUUAUCUGGAUCAAUAAACCCAAUAUUUAUGAUGCUCUUACUUUUACACUCCAGAAUCUUCAUUCUGCGUAAUAGAGUACAAGUUAUAUAUAGACAAUGAAUUGAAAUAACUAAACAAGUUAUAUGUAGUCAACGAAUUGAAAAACUUACAGACAAUAGCAACUCAUAAGCGAUUUGUCGAGGGCGUCGCCAUUGUACAUCUGGGAGAGUUCAUCAAAGUCGAUAUGGAUUUCUUCGGAGCGGCCGUAGUACUCCUGUGGGACACUCAGCACGAUCAUCGUUCUCCCAUUCUUUGAUUCACUUAAGUACCAUUUAUGCAAGUAACGCAAAUUUGUUGGGAGAUUAUCUUUGCUGACCAAAGGCUCUCCCAUGACAAACUGUGGCUUAGGGGCUACCACAGCCUUGGGUAUCCUGUCGUCUUGGGAAGCCAGCAAAUUUUCAACCAAGAUACCACAUUCAUCCGCCAACUCCUUUGCUUUUUCAAAAGCUUGCCCCUGCACCGGAGGGGGAACAUUCUGGGUUAACACCUUGAGGGGUGGGAUCGACUGUUUGGCCUGUUGUCCAAGCUGAGGAACGUCUGAUUUUUUCUUGCUUGUAGUUGAACUUGAUUUGCUCCCACUUGCACUUGCAUGUGACCUGCUCUUUUUCACUUCCUUCUGCAAUGUGCGUGUAUAGUCAUCAGGCUUAUAGUGUAAGUCAUACUAUGAUGGAGUGGUUAUGAAGUCUUUUGCCCAUGCUAUGUCCUUCUCGGUGUAUUUCGGGCGGGGCUCGGGUUCCUUCCUUUUCAUAUGCGCCUCAUGUUGUUCCUUUGCUAUCCUGGCGUUUUCCUCGGGGGUACGAUCAUAAGGUCUGAUAGGAAGAUUAGCAUGAGGUACCUUUGGGAGGGGCGACAAUUUGCGCUUUGGGGAGCUCCGUCCCUUAGAAAUCAUCGAUGAAGCGUUCUUGCUGGCACACUUCCGCUUAGUAUCAUGUGCGGGCGGCGGCGGAGACGGACGACCCAAGUCCGGCGGCGGUGAUCGAGAUGGACUCGUGUUGUGCUGGCCGACGUCAUGUGGAGGGCUUGAAGGUAAUGGAGGUGUAGGUGACCUGCGACGACUCGGAGGCGGUGUUGUCCUUGGGGCCGAGCCUGGAAGCUUGAUGUAGUUCUUGUCCCAUAGGAUGACUCCACCCAGUACUUCUCCGAGUGUCCUCUCAUCUUCGGGUCCAGCUAUGUCGAGCUCCAUAUCAUUAAACCCCGUCAUGAUUUCAUCCACCCCGACUUUAGCAAAGCCAGCUGGAAUCUCACGGCCAUGCCAGCGUGCAUCAGGGCCAGAAGGUAAAGCUUGUCCGACGGCCACCUUCAUGGAUAUGUUCUUGAAUUUCUGAUGGAGUUCACAUGAUGUUGACUCCUUGAUUCCAUCCACGGGGUAGCCGGGACCGUCCUCUAGCAUUCUUUGUUCAUCGUCGAGCGGGGCCUCAGAUUCAGCCACGCUGCUUUUCCGCUUAGAUGGGGCGCCGGUAAUAUCAACUGCAGGAUCUUCCUGGCGCGGUACUCCUCUAAGCUCAUCAAUCUGCUUCUCUUGCUCGUUAAUCCUGGCAAGCAACUGGUUGAACUUGUCAUUAUCCUCAUCCUGCUGCCGCUUCUUUGCUCUCUCUCUCGGCUUCUGUAAGUGUCUUGGUCUCUGGCAAACCCAAGCCACCACGGGUAAGAAGGACCGAAGCCUCGCGUUCGUCCUCCAUGUUCUUCAUUGCCGAGGACCAGUGUGAGCAAAUUUUUCUCUCUAUCUGCAGUGAACUUUCUUCUUCCCUCCUUAAUUUCUUUCACUAACCUUUUCCAAUUCUCCCUGGGUAUCCUAAGAUUGUCAUUGCAGAUGAGGUCCCCUGUUGUUUCGUCGUACGACCCAUCAUGCGCAAGGAACCAAUUUCUUGCUCUCAAUUCCCACUCAUCACGGAGUUGUUCAGGUACGACGCCUUUAUCUAUCAGAUCUUGCUCUUUCUUAUCCCACUUUGGGAUGGCAGUCUCAUAGCCCCCUGGCCCCAGCUUGUGGUGAUAUAUCUUCUUGUUGGCAUUUAUCUUGUUCUUUUCUGAUAAUGCCUGGGCAUCUUCUGACUCCUUGUACUCUUGAAAUGCCUUCCAGUGAUUCGCCUGCUUGGCUAGAUACCCCUCGAAUACUGGCACUUUCUGUGUCUUCAGAUAGUUUUUCCAUAGCUUCUUCUUCCAGCUACGGAACAGUUUGUUCAUCUUCUUCAGAGUCCACCGCUUGACUUUGGCCCUCAGUUUGUCUGCGGCGUCUUCAUUCUCACAUUCUGGCAGGUUGAAAUGUGACAUGAGAUCAUUCCAAAGAUUAUCUUUGUACCUUUCGGCGACAUAGUCACUAUCGGCUGCCCCUUUGCGCUUGUUCCACUCCCGAACGCUGAUCGGGACGUGAUCCCUAACGAGAACUCCGCAUUGCUUCUUGAAUGUGUCAGCACCAUUCUUCGGAAGCUUGGGUUUGCCCGUAGGAAAUAUCACCUCAAAUGUGUAAUGCGUCCGUGCAUCCAACUUUCUAGUCGGGCCUCGUUUCGUAGUUUUGCUCGAUGUGGAGGCCUAAGAGGGAGAAACAUUCGUCAAAUGAAAGUAUAUGUAUACAAUAUAGAGCUAUCUCCAAUAUUUUUCACAUAUUACAAGUGAUUGUCAAACUUCAUAUGUAUACCUCGCCUGACUUCUCCUCUUCACCGGCUUCUCCAUCAGUGGAGCUAUCACCUUCUCCGUCAUUGGACAUAUCUCCUGCCCCAUCAGCUUCAUCUUCGUGUCGCUCGACCUCCAUUCCAACGUCCUGGUUUAGAUAUAACGAUGGAGAUUCAGUUGGUUCAACGUCGGGGCCGUCUUUGAUUAUAUCUUCCAGAAGUUCUUCCUCUUCGAGGUUCCUCAUAUGUGGAUCCAUAGUUCUGCAAAAAACGGAUUCUCUUAACCUUUGUACCAAAAACCAAAGUAGGAGUACUUUUCCAAUUUGAGAGUCCUAGAUUUCUGCAUAGUAUUCAAAGUAGGAGUAAUUUUCCAAUUUGAGCAUUCAAUAAGCAAAACCAAAUCGUAAAAUAAAGUAGUAUUCAAAUUAGCAUGCAUUCAAUUAUAAGCUAAUACAUCAUCACUUUUGUCCGUACAUCGUUGAAUAUUAUCAUUAAUACUCCUCGAAUACUACCAUACAUAUAGCAUCACUAAUACAUCUAGAACCGUAGCGCCCGACGGGUAAGGGCGCGGGCGGUGGACACCCAAAGAGAAGGAACCAUCACAGGAUCAUAGCUCCAGUGAGAUCCCCGAAGAACCUGCCAGGUAUGCUCGAACCUGCCCUCCAACGCAACCAUGUAGCGACGGACAUGCUCAUCCUCCUCGCUGACACGGUGACGUACCACCUCCGCGGUGAUCGGAAGCCUCGGCACCCUCACUGGCCCACGCGACCGCCACCAAACAAGGAUCGGGUCAACGACGGGCUGGCUCCUCACCAACCUACGCCCCCCGCAAGGUAGCACCUCCCAAUACCAGCCGGGCGGAGCCCAGUCCCGGACAGGGCCCCUCUGAUCAAGCAGGUGUCCUCCGCCGAGUCGACGACGAGGAUGCGGGAUAGGCAUCGUAAAAUGAACUAAAAAAAUAAACUAGUUCUAUUAAUUUUCUUGCUAAAAUAAACUAUUAGCACUUAAGCAUAUACAAUAGCAAAAUUAAACUAUUAACACUUAUUUUCAUUUUCUUCUCCUCCUCUUCUUUCUUCUCUUCUCCUCCUCUUCUUUUCUUCUCUUCUCCUCCUCUUCUUUUCUUCUUUUCUUAUACACUAUACACUAUAUACACUAUAGCAAAAUUCCUCCUCUCCUUAUACACUAUACACUAUAUACACUAUACACUUAAGCAUAUACACUAUACACUAUACACUUUUUCUUCUUUUCUUCUCCUCCUCUUCUUAUUUUCAUUUUUCCUAAUCUUAUUUUCUUAUUUUUGUUCAUAUUUAUUCUUCUUCUAACCCUAACCUAAUUCUAAAUAUUUCUAACCCUAAUAAUCUUUUCUUUUUCUUCUUUUCUUCUCCUUUUUCUUCUUUUCUUCUCCUUUUUCUUCCUUUCUUCUCCUUUUUCUUCUUUUCUUCUCCUCUUUCUUCUUUUCUUCUAUACUGGCCGGAGUGUUGGGGAGGAGGGGCGAGGGGCUUACUGGCCGGAGUUUUGGCGAGGAGGAUGGCGCGGCGGCGAGGAGCACGGCGCGACGGCGUGUAGGACGGCGCGGCGACGAGGAGGACGGCGAGGAGGACGGCGCGGCGGCGGGGAGGACGGCGCGGAGGCGAGGAGGACGGCCGACGGCGAGCAGGACGGCGGGCAGCCUGACGGCGUCGGUUAGUUCGUCGUUGUGCCGCGCCGGGCAGGAGAACGAGAGGAAGAAGAAGAGAAAUGGACGAUUUGGGUUGGAAAUUUUGAAGUCCCGCUUAAAUAGGUGGAUCUAUAGUCCCGGUGCGUGGCUCGAACCGGGACUCAAGACCCCCUUUAGUCCCGGGUGGAGCCAUGACCCGGGACUAAAGGCCCUUUUUCGGGCAGACCAAGAGGCGGGAAGAAAGGGGUCUUAAUCCCGGUGCGUGGCUCCAGCCGGGACUAAAGCCCCUCCUCGGCUGUACGAUAAGUUUAGUCCCACCUCGCCCAACGAGGGGGACUAACACUUGUUUAUAAGCCCCGUCGCAGCUUCUCCAUCGAGCUCCUCUCUAAGCAGGCUUACGGGCCUAAACUCACAGAAAAUUGUAACUAUAUUAGAAAAUUGUAGGGAAAAUUCAAUCUAAAUUCAAUGAGAAUUUAGAUUGAAUUUUCUCUAUGAUUUCGAAUAUAGUUUCAAUUUUUUCUAUUUUCAUAAUUAAUAAUUUUGACUAUCCAAACUAUUAUCUAUUUUGUUAUUUUCAAUUAAAAACUAUGUUUAUUAAAAAUUCUUUUUGCAUAUUUGAGAAUUUGACAAAACUAUGAUAAUGAAAAGUGUUUCAUAUUGAAUAAAUAAUGCAAAAUUAUUUUGUAUUUUCAUAAUUAAUUAUUUUGACUAUCCAAAAUAUUAUCUAUUUUGUUAUUUUCAAUUAAAAACUAUGUUUAUUAAAAAAUUCUUUUUGCAUAUUUGAGAAUUUGACAAAACUAUGAUAAUGAAAAGUGUUUCAAAUUGAAUAAAUAAUGCAAAACUAUUUUUAUUUUCAUAAUUAAUAAUUUUGACUAUCCAAACUAUUAUCUAUUUUGUUAUUUUGACUUCAUUUGGUAUAUUUCGUGCAUGUACUUAUUUUUUUUGAGCUAGUUGACCCUGAAAUUGAAAAGCACUACAAAUGAACCACUACUGAAAUUCAGAAAUUUGCCGUCUGCCAAGGCGGACGGCAAAGGGGGCAACCAUGGACGGCAAAGGCUUUGCCGUCUGCCCCCUCAUGGCAAAGUAGAUGGUAAAAAAAAAUCCGGUGAAGAGGCUCUUUGCCGUCUGCCUUUCACAAAGCGGACGGCAAAGAAUCUUUGCCGAUGAGGGGAAGACGGCAAAAUAAGUGGGACGGCAUAUAUUGCAACGUCCCCGUUAAGUGUUAACGGCAGGCCUCCUCUCUUUGCCGUCUGCCUCCCCCCCUUUGCCAUGUGGGGUAAACGGCAAAGAGGGAGAGAGAGGGGGCAGAUUCUCUCUUUGCCGUCUGCCUCCCCCCCUUUGCCAUGUGGGGGCAGACGGCAAAAAGGGGAGAGAGAGGGGGCAGAUUCUCUCUUUGCCGUCUGCCUCCCCCCCUUUGCCAUGUGGGGGCAGACGGCAAAGAGGGGAGAGAGAGGGGGCAGAUUCCCCCUUUGCCGUCUGCCUCCACCCCUUUGCCAUGUGUUGGCAGACGGCAAAGAGGGGAACCAUCCCCUUUUUUAUUUAUUUUUUGUUAUAUCCAGCAUUUUUAACAAUAAUCAGGAUAUAUAUAUAUAUUUGACAUAAAUAAAUUUCUUUUCGUACCCAUAACCAUAUUAAAAUAACUCUCAUCCAUAGUGCAUACAUAUUAUGGAAGUUACAUUCGUACCAAACCUAAUAUUACACCAGUUUCAUCCACGUGCAUACAAAGUUUCAUAUAUUCAUAUACUACAACAGUUUCAAUACAACCCAUGGUACAAGAAAUCAUCUUCAAGCAUUCCAUCAACCAAGCUUCCCGUGAAGUGAAGGUAAUCUGCAAAAUGACAAAUAAGAAAGUUAGAAAAAUAAUACUAGAUGAAGUAGUGUAUAUAUAGGUUAUUUCGGAGAGAAAUUAGCUAAUUAUAGACCAUUUAGGAGCUAACUAAGCUAAUUAUGUCAUUUAGGUGGAACCCUAGCUAACUAUAGGAGAAGAGAAAGAGAAGAAGAAGUAAAAGAAGAAGGAGGAGGAGGAGAAGGAGAAGGAAGAGGAGAAGAAGAAGAAAAAGGAGGAGGAGGAGGAGGAGGAGAAGGAGAAGGAAGAGGAGAAGAAGAAGAAGGAGAAGAAGGAGAAGAAGAAGGAGAGAGAGAGAGAGGAGAAGGAGCUCGCNNNNNNNNNNNNNNNNNNNNNNNNNNNNNNNNNNNNNNNNNNNNNNNNNNNNNNNNNNNNNNNNNNNNNNNNNNNNNNNNNNNNNNNNNNNNNNNNNNNNAAAAUUAAGUCCCACUUUAAGUCUCCAAAACUAAGCCACUAAUAAAUACGUCAAAAAUGGCAUAAGAACCUUGGUUAGCUCAUGAAUAUUGUAUACUUAGCUUGUUUUCCUCUAAAAUGAGAUAAUUAGCCCAUUUAGCUCCAAAAAGACAUAAUUAGGUAAUUUAGCUCCAAUAAGAGGAGAAUAAAUAGGAAAAAUGAAAACAAAGAAGAAGAAGAAGAAGAGAAGAAUGAGAAGGAGGAGGAGGAGGAGGAGGAGGARGAGAAGGAGGAGAAGGCCAAGGACCUUCUAGUCCUUCUCCUCCUCCUCCUUCUCCUCCUUCUCCUCCUUCUUCUUGAUUUCUUCUUCUUCUCCUCCUCCUCCUUCUUCUUCCCCUCUUUCAUAUUAUCCUUKCUUUAAUUUCCCCAACAWUGACAUAAUUAGCCCAUUUAGCUCCAAAAUGCCAUAAUAAGCUCAGAAUGGCAUAAGAACCUUGGUGAGCUCAUGAAUAUUAUAUACUUAGCUUGUUUUCCUGUAAAAUGGGAUAAUUAGCCCAUUUAGCUCMAAAAAGACAUAAUUAGGUAAUUUAGCUCCAACAAGAGGAGAAGAGGAGAAGAAAUAGGCAAAAUGAAAAGAAAGAAGAAGAAGAAGAAGAGAAGAAGAAGAGAAGAAGGAGAAGGAGGAGGAGGAGGAGGAGGAGAAGGCCAAGGACCUUCUAGUCCUUCUCCUCCCCCUCCUUCUCCUCCUUCUUCUUGAUUUCUUCUUCUUCUCCUCCUCCUCCUCUUUCUUCUCCUCUUUCAUAUUAUCCUUGCUUUAAUUAACCCAACAAUGACAUAAUUAGCCCAUUUAGCUCCAAAAUACCAUAAUAAGCUCAAAAUGGCAUAAGAACCUUGGUUAGCUCAUUAAUAUUAUAUACUUAGCUUGUUUUCCUCUAAAAUGGUAUAAUUAGCCCAUUUAGCUCAAAAAAGACAUAAUUAGGUAAUUUAGCUCCAACAAAUGAUAUAUAGUUCACCACACAUAUACUUAGCUUGUUUUCCGCUAAAAAUGACAUAAUUAGCUUAAAAACAUCAUAUUUUGUUCUUCUUCUAACUUUCUUAUUCACAUUUUUGCAGAUUGGAUAUACUACAUGCAUGGGAGCUGGCAUUCAUGGAGUUGAACAAUGUCGAUGGAUGAACUUUAUAUGUAUAUCAUCUAGUUUUCAUUUGAGUUGAUGAACAAUGUUGAACUAUAUGUAUAUGUAUAUAUGGAUAAACAGUGCAAUACUUGGUAUGUUGGUUCUUUGGAUAUAUGGGGAUGUACAUUGGUGAAUCAUAUAUGUGUGGUGAAUUAUAUAUAUGUGUUGGCAAGUAUAUCUGUCGUGAACUAUAUAUCAUAUAUGUGUGGUGAAUUAUAUAAAUGUGCUAUCAAUAAUAUAUAUAUAUAUAUAUAUAUAUAUAUGUAUAUGUGUGUGUGUGUGUGUGUUGUGAAACAAUNNNNNNNNNNNNNNNNNNNNNNNNNNNNNNNNNNNNNNNNNNNNNNNNNNNNNNNNNNNNNNNNNNNNNNNNNNNNNNNNNNNNNNNNNNNNNNNNNNNNCACGUAGCUUCUUUCAUGUGACAUGAAUGUUCAGAUCCGUAAGAUUCAAAACAAUAGUUUGCUAUUGACAUGAAAACAAUAAUACUUCAAGCAAACUAUCAAGGUAACCAUGAACUUUCAAAAUAACAAGGCCAAAGAAAGUCACCCUACAAAAUCAUAUAGUCUGGCUAUGCUCCAUAAUCCUCACACAACUAAUGUAAAUCAUGCACAACCCCGGUAUUGGCCAAGUAAUUGUUUUCGCACUCUUUACUUUCUCAAACUUUUUAUAACUAUCACGCAAUACAUCAGCGUGAGCCAUGGAUAUUGUACUAUAGGUGGAAUAGAGUGUGGUGGUGGUUGUGAGAGAAAAAGGAGGAGAUGGUCACAUUGACUCGGCGUAUCAAAGGGCUAUGGAGAUGCCCAUUAAUAGAUAUCAAUGUGAAUGAGUAGGGAUUGCCAUACAAAUGAUGCACUAGAGCUAAGAGUAUGUUAAAGCUCUUAAGAAAACUAGCGGGUGUUCAUCCAACUUGCUUGCUCACGAAGACCUAAGGCAAUUUUGAGGAAGCCUAUCAUUGGAAUAUACAAGCCAAGUUAUAUAAUAAAAAUUUCCCACUAGCUAUACGGUGGUGACAAAACGAGAGACUCUCAAUCAUGAAAAUCAUGGUGCUUAAUAAGCACAAGUGUGGAAAGAUAGUAGCAUUGUCCAUUCUCUCUUUUUCUCUCAUUUUUUUUGGUGGGCUCUUUGGCCUCUUUUUUUUGGUGGGCAUCUUUGGCCUCUUUUAUGUCCUCACAGGGGACAAUGCUCCAUCAAUGAUGAUCAUCACACUUACAACUCAAAACUUAGAGCAAUGAUGACUCUAUAUGGAAUGCAUUCGGUAGUGUACCGUGACAAUGAUCUAGCAUGGCAUAGACAUCAAUGGAAACAUCAUAGACAUCAAUGGAAACAUCAUGCUAGCUAUCUUAUGAUCAUGCAAUGGAAAUGUAGAAGUGGUGGCACAUGUCAUGGUGGUAGUUGCAUGGCAAUAUAUCUCGGAAUGGCUUUGAAAAAGCCAUAGUAGGUAGGUAUGGUGGUUGUUUUGAGGGAGGCUAAUGGUGGGUUUUAUGCACCGACGAAAGUUGCACGGCACUAAAGAAGAUAGUGAUGGUGGAAGGUGAAAGUGCAUCUAAACCAUGGACUCAACAUUAGUCAUGAAGAACUCAUAUACUUGUUGCAAAAAAUUUAGUAGUAAUCGAAACAAAGCAUUCAACGCAUACUCCUAGGGGAAGGGUUGGUAGGUAUAAACCAUCGCGCGAUCCCGACCGCCACACAAAGGAUGACAAUCAAUAUACUAAUCAUGCUCAGACUUCAUCACAUAGAGGUUCACCAUACGUGGAUGCUACGGGAAUCACUAACUUCAACUCAAGUAUGUCUAGAUCCACAACACCUUACUAAUAUAACUUUAAUAUUACCACAACCACAACUCAAAACUGAUUGAGAUGAAUCAAACUUCUCUAACUACUCAAUGCACAUGAAGGUGGAAGUUUUCAUAUCCCUUUGGAUAAAUACCCCUUUUGAGACUACUUUCAUAGCAUAGAUCAACUACCACGCCACGCGCUUCCGUGCUCUAAAUGAUAGAAGUGAAACACAUAGAGCAAAAUAAAUUAGCUCAAAAGAUAUAAGUGAAACACAUGUGAGCUGAAUUGUCUAACCAAAGGAUAUAAGUGAAGCUCGACAAAAUCACGGUGAGUGCAUUUCUCUCUCUCUAGGUGUGCAACAAGGAAGAUUGUGGCACAACAAAAAUAAAAGACUCCUACGAUACAAGACGCUCCAAGCAAAACACAUAACAUGUGGUGAAUAAAAUAUAGCCCCCAAGUAACGUUCAUUACUGGAAAUCAGUUUUUUGCCGUGUGCCUAAUCUUUGCUGUCAGCUAGCUGAUGGCAAAGAGUGUCUUUGCCGUCAGCUCUCAGAAAGCAGAUGGCAAAGAACUGGAUGAUGGCAAAGAAGGUCUUUGCCAACAGUCAAUCCUUUGUUGUCUGCCGCAAACGACAAAGAAGGGGACAGGAGACGGCAAAGAAGCUCAUUCGGCCCGGGGAACCUUAGGUCAACCAACGCCCUUCUUUGUCGUCUGCUGGCGGACGGCAAAGAUGCCAGAGGCAGACGUCAAAGAGUAUAGACCCCUUUGCCGUCCGCCAGCAGACGACAAAGGUCCUGAAUCUACUCAAACGGCCGUCCCGCCCCCACCCCGGCCCUCUCUCUCUCUCAAACGGCCACUCUCUCUCUCUCCUCCCCCGACACCCAACGCCGCCACCGUCGCCCGGCCACCCCCGGCGCCCCCGGUUCCCCACAACCCUCCGGCACCACUGGUGCCGCCCCCGCAGCCCCACCGCCGGCGCCGCUGGUGCCCCUGGUGCCGCCCCGCAGCCCCACCGCCGGCGCCCCUGCUGCACCCCCAGCCCCACCACCGGCGCCGCCGGCCCAGCCACUGCCCCGCAGGCCCCGGCGCCGCCCCCGCAGCCCCAACACUGCCGGUAACGCCCCMMCACCCCACCCCCUUGUUAUUUAGUUUUUUGGAGGAAGAAGAAGAAUAAGAAGAGAGGAGGAGAAGAGGAGAAGAAGAGGAGGAGUAGGAGGAGGAGGAGUAGGAGGAGGAUGAGGAAGAGAAGAAAAAGAAGAAGAAGAACAAGAAGAACAAGAAGAAGAGAAGAAAAAAUUAAGAAGGAGAAGAAGAAGAAGAGAAGAAAAAAAAAGAAGGAGAAGAAGUAAAGAAGAAGAGAAGAAGAGAAUAAGAAAAAAAUAAGAAGGAGAAGAAGAGAAAAAAGAAGAAGAAGUUGAUUUUUUAUUGUCUGGUAUUUAGUUUUUUGGAAUUAAUUAGUAGUNNNNNNNNNNNNNNNNNNNNNNNNNNNNNNNNNNNNNNNNNNNNNNNNNNNNNNNNNNNNNNNNNNNNNNNNNNNNNNNNNNNNNNNNNNNNNNNNNNNNCAUGAUCAAACACUAUCACCCAAACUAAUCAUUAAAGGCUUUACUUGGCACAUAUUUUUAUAAUACAAUGGAAAUUUACAAAGGACAUAAUUAUUUGUGCGAGAAACUUCCAUGAAGAAUUCUACAUUGUUUCCAUGAGCAUGAACACAAGUGUUCAAGGUCGACCCUCACUUCCACAAUGCAUCACCUUUCAAUCGCUUCUCUUUUUGAAAAAGUUUUAAGUUCCCCUCUAUAUUUUUUUGUUUUUAAACUAUAUAAAAGCACUAAACAGAAAGAMAAAGAUAAAUWCAUUGGGUUGCCUCCCAACAAGCGCUAUUGUUUAACGCCCUUAGCUAGGCAUUGAUAAUUCAAUGAUGCUCACACAAAASACAAGAAUUGAAGCACAACGAGAGCAUCAUAAAGCAUGUGAAAAUCACAUGUAAGUCUAACAUACUUCCUAUGCAUAGGCAUUUUAUWGGAAAACAGAUUGUCAAGACAACCAAUAGUUACCAUAUGCAAGGAAGAAGAAAGAGACAAUAGCAAUCUCCACAUAACAAGAGGUAAUUUGGUAACAUGAAAGUUUCUACCACAAUAUUUUCCUCUCUCAUAGUAAUUACAUGUGGGAUCAUAUUCGAAUUAAACAAUGUAACUAUCACAUAGGAUAUUCUUUUCAUGACCCACAUGCAUGCAAAGUUCACGCUCUUAAAAAAUAGUGGGAUUAUCAUCAACCAAUGUCAUGAUUUCUCCAAACCCACUUUCAAUAAUAUUGCAAAUAUCAUAUUCAUCAUGAGGCUUAAACAAAUUUUCAAGAUCAUAAGAAAAAUCACCGCCCCACUCAUGAUCAUUGCAACAAGUAGGGGACAUAGCUAAACUAGCAUCUGCAAGCUUAGGGUUUUGCAUAUUCUUAGCAUGAUUGUCACUAAUAGAAUUUAUAGUGAAACCAUUCCAAUCAUGCUUUUCAUCCAAGGAGCCCUCGUCAAUCACUUCAUAAAUUUCUUCCUCACAAUUUUCAGAUUCACGCAUCUCAAGCAAAACUCCAUAAAGAUACUCAAGUGCACUCAACUCACUAGCAAUUGGAUCAACAUAAUUGGAUCUCUUAAAGAGAUUAGCAAGUGGAUGAGGAUCCAUAUCACUAGAUUUUCAGCAAGCGAAGAUGCAAACAUAUUGAAGGCACAUGGCACACAAGCGAACAGAAAGCAAGCGAGAGAAAAGGGCGAACCAAAAAGGCAAACAAAAAAAGGAAAACGAAAAAGGCGAAUGAAAACGGCAAAUGUGAAGUGGGGGAGAGGAAAACGAGAGGCAACUGGCAAAAAGGUAAAUGCAAGAGAUGAGUUUGUGACACCUACUUGGAUAGAUCUUGACUUGAUCUCUCCCCGGCAACGGCGCCAGAAAUAGGCGUGUUGACGGGAGAUUAUUCUUGUCUUGAUACUCCUCGGCAAGCGAUCCUCCCCGGCAACGGCGCCAGAAAUACUUCUCCUACGGCAACAAUAGACCUUCCCUGGCAACGGCGCCAGGAAUCCUUCUACUACGGGCUACGCCUCUAGGGAUUUCCUUGGCAAAUAUGCAAAGGAUUCCCCCGCGGCCUUGGAGCCUUGCGUUGUUGUUCCCUUGAAGAGGAAAGGGUGAUGUAGCACAGCGGCGGUAAGUAGUUCCCUCAGUUUCAGAACCAAGGUAUCAAUCCAGUAGGAGGAUCGCGUCAAGUCACAAGUACCUGCACAAACACAAAGAGCUUGCACCCAAUGCUAUGAAGGGGUUGUCAAUCCCUUAUAGAUUGUUUGCAAAGUGAGAACUGAAAGCAAAAAGUAAACAAACCAAAGUAAAAGUAAAAGUGGAAACGAUAGUUGUGAAUAGACCCGGGGGCUGUAGUGUUCACUAGUGGCUUCUCUCAUGAAAGCAAGUAGACGGUGGGUGAACGAAUUACUGUCGAGCAAUUUAUAGAACCGCGCAAAGUCAUGACGUUAUCUAUGGCAAUGAUCAUAUCUAUAGGCAUCAUGUCCAAAACAAGUAGACCGAUACUUUAUGCAUACUACUAUUACUCCACACGUCGACCGCUAUCCAGCAUGCAUCUAGUGUAUUGAGUUCAUAAGAACAGAGUAACGCCUUAAGCAAGAUGACAUGAUGUAUAUGAACAAUCUCAAAUCUAUGAUGAAAGCCCAUCUUGUUACCCUUGAUGGAAAACACCUAUCCCCUGUGUGCCUUGCUGCCCCUUUUGUCACUGGGAAAGGUCACCGCACGGUAUGAACCCAAAACCAAGCACUUCUCCCAUUGCAAGAAUCAUAUAUCUAGUUGGCCAAACAAAACCCAAGACUCGGAAAGACUUACAAGGAUAUCAAAUCAUGCAUAUAAGAAAUCAGGAAAGACUCAAAUAUAAUUCAUAGAUAAUCUAAUCACAAAUCCACAAUUCAUCGGAUCUCGACAAACACACCGCCAAAGAGGAUUACAUCGGAUAGAUCUCCAUGAAGAUCAUGGAGAACAUUGUAUUGAAGAUCCAAGAGAGAGAAGAAGCCAUCUAGCUACUAACUAUGGACCCGUAGGUCUGAAGUGGACUACUCACGAGUCAUUAGUAGAGGCGAUGAUCUUGAUGUAGAAACCCUCCAACUCCAAACUCCCCUCCGGCAGGGCACCGGGAAGGGUCUCCAGAUGGGAUCUCGCGGAAACGGAAGCUUGCGGCGGCAGAAAAGUGUUUUCGUGGAUGCCCUGAUUUUUUCUGGGAUUUUAGGGAAUAUAUAGGCGAAAGAGAUAGGGCAGGGGAGAGCCAGGGAGGCCACAAGCCUAGUCGCCGCGGGCCCCCCUGGCCGCGGCGUCAGGGCUUGUGGGCCUCCUGCCUUGGCCCUAAAGUCCCCCGAUCUUCUUCUGUUCUGGAAAAUUUUAUUUUGGGGAUUUUAUUCCNNNNNNNNNNNNNNNNNNNNNNNNNNNNNNNNNNNNNNNNNNNNNNNNNNNNNNNNNNNNNNNNNNNNNNNNNNNNNNNNNNNNNNNNNNNNNNNNNNNNAGAAAUUUGACAAAACUUAUGAUAAUUGAAAAGUGUUUCAAAUUUGAAUAAAUAAUGCUUAAACUAUUUUUUUUCAUAAUUAAUAAUUUUGACUAUCCAAACUAUUAUCUAUUUUGUUAUUUUCAAUUAAAAACUAUGUUUAUUAAAAAUUCUUUUUGCAUAUUUGAGAAUUUGACAAAACUAUGAUAAUGAAAAGUGUUUCAAAUUGAAUAAAUAAUGCAAAACUAUUUUUUAUUUUCAUAAUUAAUAAUUUUGACUAUCCAAACUAUUAUCUAUUUUGUUAUUUUCAAUUAAAACUAUGUUUAUUAAAAAUUCUUUUUGCAUAUUUGAGUAAUUUAACAAAACUAUGAUAAUGAAAAGUGUUUCAAAUUGAAUAAAUAAUGCAAAACUAUUUUUAUUUUCAUAAUUAAUAAUUUUGACUAGUCCAAACUAUUAAGUCUAUUUGUUAUUUGACUUCAUUUGGUAUAUUCGUGCAUGUACUUAUUUUUUUUGAGACUAAGUUGANNNNNNNNNNNNNNNNNNNNNNNNNNNNNNNNNNNNNNNNNNNNNNNNNNNNNNNNNNNNNNNNNNNNNNNNNNNNNNNNNNNNNNNNNNNNNNNNNNNNUCCUAUGUGAUAGCUAUAUUGUUGAAUUUGAAUAUGAUCCCACAUGUAAUUAUUGUGAGAGAGGAAAAUAUGGUGGUAGAAAUUUUCAUACCACUAAAUCACCUCUUGUUUUGUUGAGAUUGAUAUUGUCUCUUUCUUCUUCCUUGCAUAUGGUAACUAUUGGUUGUCUUGACAAUCUKWUUUCCUAUAAAAUGCCUAUGCAUAGGAAGUAUGUUAGACUUASAUGUKAUUUUCACAUGCUUUAUGAUGCUCUCGUUGUGCUUCAAUUCUUGUYKUUUGUGUGAGCAUCAUUGAAUUAUCAAUGCCUAGCUAAGGGCGUUAAACAAUAGCGCUUGUUGGGAGGCAACCCAAUGAAUUUAUCUUUUCUUUCUGUUUAGUGUUUUCCAUACUUUCAUAUAUCUGUUAUGAUUGUGUCUUUUGUGUUUAUUUUUGUGUUUGAUCCAAGCAAAACCUUUAUGACUAGUCUCGGUGAUGGUUGUUUGAUCCUGCUGGAAAAAAGAUAGAAACUUUUCGUCUCACGAGAUGAUUUUUCUAUUUUUAUUUCAGAAAAAAGAUUAUGAGUUGAUUCUUUUUUCUGCUGGUUGAUAUUCCUUUUUCCCAGGCAGUCGUAAGUUUUCAGAAUUUUGGAGGUACCAGAAGUAUACGAAGUAUACAGAUUGCUACAGACUGGUCUGUUUUUGACAGAUUCUGUUUUUGUUGAGUUGGUUGCUUGUUUUGAUGAAACUAUGGAUAGUAUAGGGGGUCAUAAUAGUCUGAUGUCUAUGAGGUCAGCUACUAAUGGUAGGCUCAUCAGCACUGAACAAACUACAAUCCAUGGGAAUCGUAAAGCAAGAUGAUCACCUACCAAACACAGUUGACGUNNNNNNNNNNNNNNNNNNNNNNNNNNNNNNNNNNNNNNNNNNNNNNNNNNNNNNNNNNNNNNNNNNNNNNNNNNNNNNNNNNNNNNNNNNNNNNNNNNNNCACGUAGCCUCACUUCAUUUGGUAUAUUUCGUGCAUUUACUUAUUUUUUUUUGAGCUAGUUGACCCUGAAAUUGAAAAGCACUACAAAUGAACUCUGAAAAUGUUGAAAGUUGGCAUGCUGUCAUCAUUUCACCCACAUAGCAUGUGUUAAAAAGUUGAGAGGGCUAUGAAAAAAACUGGAUGCAGUUCAUGUACAAAACUGACAAUCCCUCUGGAAGUAGCUGGGUUUCGAACGAGAACUCAUCUCUUACAAAGGGAUUUCAUUUUUUUAAACUUAUUUGAACUCCAUACUUUUUGUGUGUUCAAAAUGCACCAUUCAAAGGCACAUCACAAAAUUUCAACAAUUUCUGACUUCAUUUGGUAUAUUUCGUGCUAUUUACUUUUUUUUGAGCUAGUUGACCCUGAAAUUGAAAAGCACUACAAAUGAACUCUGAAAAUGUUGAAAGUUGGCAUGCUAUCAUCAUUUCAGCCACAUAGCAUGUGUUAAAAAGUUGAGAGGGCUACGAGAAAAACUGGAUGCAGUUCGUGUACAAAACUGACAAUCUCUCUCGAAGUAGCAGGGUUUCGAACGAGAACUCAUCUCUUACAAAGGGAUUUCAUUUUUUUAAAACUUAUUUGAACUCCAUAAUUUUUGUGUGUUCAAAAUGCACCAUUCAAAGGCACAUCACAAAAUUUCAAUAAUUUCUCACUUCAUUUGGUAUAUUUCGUGCAUUUACUUAUUUUUUUGAGCUAGUUGACCCUGAAAUUGAAAAGCACUACAAAUGAACUCUGAAAAUGUUGAAAGUUGGCAUGCUAUCAUCAUUUCACCCACAUAGCAUGUGUUAAAAAGUUGAGAGGGCUACAACGAAAACUUGAUGCAGUUCGUUUACAAAAUUAACAAUCUCUCUCGAAGUAGCAGGGUUUCGAACGAGAACUCAUCUCUUACAAAGGGAUUUCAUUUUUUUAAACUUAUUUGAACUCCAUACUUUUUGUGUGUUAAAAAUGCACCAUUCAAAGGCACAUCAAAAAAUUUCAACAAUUUCUGACUUCAUUUGGUAUAUUUCGUGCAUUUACUUAUUUUUUUUGAGCUAGUUGACCCUGAAAUUGAAAAGCACUACAAAUGAACUCUGAAAAUGUUGAAAGUUGGCAUGCUGUCAUCAUUUCACCCACAUAGCAUGUGUUAAAAAGUUGAAAGGGCUAUGACAAAAACUGGAUGCAGUUCAUGUACAAAACUGACAAUCCCUCUCGAAGUAGCAGGGUUUCGAAUGAGAACUCAUCUCUUACAAAGGGAUUUCAUUUUUUUUAAACUUAUUUGAACUCCAUACUUUUUGUGUGUUCAAAAUGAACCAUUCAAAGGCACAUCACAAAAUUGCAACAAUUUCUGACUUCAUUUCGUAUAUUUCGUGCAUUUACUUAUUUUUUUUGAGCUAGUUGACCCUGAAAUUGAAAAGCACUACAAAUGUACUCUGAAAAUGUUGAAAGUUGGCAUACUAUAAUCAUUUAACCCACAUAGCAUGUGUUAAAAAGUUGAGAGGGCUACGACAAAAACUGGAUGCAGUUCGUGUACAAAACUGACAAUCUCUCUCGAAGUAGCAGGGUUUCGAACGAGAACUCAUCUCUUACAAAGGGAUUUCAUUUUUUUAAACUUAUUUGAACUCCAUACUUUUUGUGUGUUCAAAAUGCACCAUUCAAAGGCACGUCACAAAAUUUCAAUAAUUUCUCACUUCAUUUGGUAUAUUUCGUGCAUUUACUUUAUUUUUUUGAGCUAGUUGACCCUGAAAUUGNNNNNNNNNNNNNNNNNNNNNNNNNNNNNNNNNNNNNNNNNNNNNNNNNNNNNNNNNNNNNNNNNNNNNNNNNNNNNNNNNNNNNNNNNNNNNNNNNNNNCCUAUCAUGGUGAUGUCCAUCUACGAGAGGGGAUAUUCGAUCUACGUACCCUUGUAGAUCGCACAGCUGAAGUGUUAGUGAACACGGUUGAUGUAGUGGAACGUCCUGAUGUCCCUCGAUCCGCCCCGCGAACAAUCCCGCGAUCAGUCCCACGAUCUAGUACCGAACGGACGGCACCUCCGCGUUCAGCACACGUACAGCUCGACGAUGAUCUCGGCCUUCUUGAUCCAGCAAGAGAGACGGAGAGGUAGAAGAUUUCUCCGGCAGCGUGACGGCGCUCCGGAGGUUGGUGAUGACCUUGUCUCAGCAGGGCUCCGCCCGAGCUCCGUAGAAACGCGAUCUAGAGGAAAAACCGUGGAGGUAUGUGGUCGGGCUGCCGUGGAAAAGUGCGUCUUCAUAGGUUACCCAAAAGAGACAGUUGGGUACACCUUCUAUCUCAAAUCCGAGGGCAAAGUGUUUGUUGCUAAAAACGGAGUCUUUUCUCGAGAAGGUAGUUUCUCUCAAGAGAAUUGAGUGGGAGGAAGAUAGAACUUGACGUAGGUUGUNNNNNNNNNNNNNNNNNNNNNNNNNNNNNNNNNNNNNNNNNNNNNNNNNNNNNNNNNNNNNNNNNNNNNNNNNNNNNNNNNNNNNNNNNNNNNNNNNNNNCUAUUGGUUACUGACCAGAGAGUGUCUCGGUCAUGUCUACAUAGUUCUCGAACCCGCAGGGUCUUGCUACCUCUUGAGUUUGCGUUGGUUUUUCCCUUGAAGAGGAAAGGGUGAUGCAGCACAGUAGCAGUAAGUAKUUCCCUCAGUUUSAGAACCAAGGUAUCAAUCCAGUAGGAGKAUCRMGKMAAGUCWMCAAAGUACCUGCGCAAAAACAGCAAACUUGCACCCAACGCUACAAAGGGGUUGUCAAUACCUUCAAGAUUGAUUGCAAGGUGAGAUCUGAAGGCGGAAAGUGCAACAAAGUAAAAGUGUAAGGCUGAAAAUAUGAUGUGGAGUAGACCCGGGGGCCAUAGUGUUCACUAGAGGCUUCUCCAAAAUAGCAAAUAUUAUGGUGGAUGAACAAAUUACUGUCGAGCAAUUGAUAGAACUGCGCAAAGUCAUGACGAUAUCUAAGGCAAUGAUCCUACAUAUAGGCAUCACGUCCGAGACAAGUAGACCGAUACUUUCUGNNNNNNNNNNNNNNNNNNNNNNNNNNNNNNNNNNNNNNNNNNNNNNNNNNNNNNNNNNNNNNNNNNNNNNNNNNNNNNNNNNNNNNNNNNNNNNNNNNNNUAUCAUGUACUUCUUGGACCAAUUUUACAUUAUGUUCUAGUUUCUGUUUUGUUGCCAUUAUAGUUUCCCAAUUUGAAUGGUUUAGCCCUUUCUAACUUCGUUUGCUACUUUUGAAUGGUUUAGCCCUUUCUAACUUCAUGGUAUCAUGCAUUUCGACCACAUAUAUAUACAAAAAGUCUUUAGUUCAAAUAAGUUCAAAUAAGUUCAUGCAUUUCAACAUUUUCAGAGUUCAUUUGUAGUGCUUUUCAAUUUCAGGGUCAACUAGCUCAAAAAAAAUAAGUAAAUGCACGAAAUAUACCAAAUGAAGUCAGAAAUUGUUGAAAUUUUGUGAUGUGCCUUUGAAUGGUGCAUUUUGAACACACAAAAAGUAUGGAGUUCAAAUAAGUUUAAAAAAAAUGAAAUCCCUUUGUAAGAGAUGAGUUCUCGUUCGAAACCCUGCUACUUCGAGAGAGAUUGUCAGUUUUGUACACGAACUGCAUCCAGUUUUUGUCGUAGCCUUCUCAACUUUUUAACACAUGCUAAUGUGGGUGAAAUGACGAUAGCAUGCCAACUUUCAACAUUUUCAGAGUUCAUUUGUAGUGCUUUUCAAUUUCAGGGUCAACUAGCUCAAAAAAAUACGUAAAUGCACGAAAUAUACAAAAUGAAGUAAGAAAUUGUUGAAAUUUUGUGAUGUGCCUUUGAAUGGUGCAUUUUGAACACACAAAAAGUAUGGAGUUCAAAUAAGUUUAAAAAAAAAUGAAMUMCSUKUGUAAGAGAUGAGUUCUCGUUCGAAACCCAGCUACUUCCAGAGGGAUUGUCAGUUUUGUACAUGAACUGCAUCCAGUUUUUUUCAUAGCCCUCUCAACUUUUUAACACAUGCUAUGUGGGUGAAAUGAUGACAGCAUGCCAACUUUCAACAUUUUCAGAGUUCAUUUGUAGUGCUUUUCAAUUUCAGGGUCAACUAGCUCAAAAAAAAAUAAGUAAAUGCACGAAAUAUACCAAAUGAAGUCAGAAAUUGUUGAAAUUUUUUGAUGUGCCUUUGAAUGGUGCAUUUUGAACACACAAAAAGUAUGGAGUUCAAAUAAGUUUAAAAAAAUGAAAUCCCUUUGUAAGAGAUGAGUUCUCAUUCGAAACCCUGCUACUUCGAGAGAGAUUGUCAGUUUUGUACACGAACUGCAUCCAGUUUUUGUCGUAGCCCUUUCAACUUUUAACACAUGCUAUGUGGGUGAAAUGAUGAUAGCAUGCCAACUUUCAACAUUUUCACAGUUCAUUUGUAGUGCUUUUCAAUUUCAGGGUCAACUAGCUCAAAAAAAUAAGUAAAUGCACGAAAUAUACCAAAUGAAGUCAGAAAUUGUUGAAAUUUUCUGUUGUGCCUUUGAAUGGUGCAUUUUGAACACACAAAAAUUAUGGAUUUCAAAUAAGUUUUAAAAAAAUGAAAUCCUUUUGUAAGAGAUGAGUUCUCGUUCGAAACCCUGCUACUUCGAGAGAGAUUGUCAGUUUUGAACACGAACUGCAUCCAGUUUUUGUCGUAGCCCUCUCAACUUUCUAACACAUGCUAUGUGGGUUAAAUGAUGAUAGCAUGCCAACUUUCAACAUUUUUCAGAGUUCAUUUGUAGUGCUUUUCAAUUUCAGGGUCAACUAGCUCAAAAAAAAUAAGUAAAUGCACGAAAUAUACCAAAUGAAGUCAGAAAUUGUUGAAAUUUUGUGAUGUGCCUUUGAAUGGUGCAGUUUGAACACACAAAAAGUAUGGAGUUCAAAUAAGUUUUAAAAAAUGAAAUCCCUUUGUAAGAGAUGAGUUCUCGUUCGAAACCCUGCUACUUCGAGAGAGAUUGUUAGUUUUGUAAACGAACUGCAUCCAGUUUUUGUCAUAGCCCUCKCAACKUKUUAACACAUGCUAUGUGGGUGAAAUGAUGAUAGCAUGCCAACUUUCAACAUUUUCAGAGUUCAUUUGUAGUGCUUUUCAAUUUCAGGGUCAACUAGCUCAAAAAAAAAAGUAAAUGCACGAAAUAUACCAAAUGAAGUMAGAAAUUAGUUGAAAUUUUGUGUUGUGCCUUUGUAAUGGUGCAUUUUGAACANNNNNNNNNNNNNNNNNNNNNNNNNNNNNNNNNNNNNNNNNNNNNNNNNNNNNNNNNNNNNNNNNNNNNNNNNNNNNNNNNNNNNNNNNNNNNNNNNNNNGGGAUAAUUAACCCAUUUAGCUCCAAAAAGACAUAAUUAGGUAAUUUAGCUCCAACAAUAAAUAGGAAAAAUAGAAAAGAAAGAAAGAAGAAGAAGAAGAGAGGAAGGAGAAGGAGGAGGAGGAGGAGAAGGCCAAGGACCUUCUAGUCCUUCUCCUCCUCCUUGUCCUCCUUCUUGAUUUUCUUUUUCUUUCUCCUCCUCCUCCUCUUUCCUCUCCUMUUUCAUAUUAUCCUUGCUUUUAAUUUCCCCAAAAAUGACAUAAUUAGCUCAUUUAGCUCCAAAAUGCCAUAAUAACCUCAAAAUGGCAUAAGAACCUUGGUUAGAUCAUGAAUAUUAUAUACUUAGCUUGUUUUCCUAUAAAAUGAGAUAAUUAGCCCAUUUAGCUCCAAAAAGACAUAAUUAGGUAAUUUAGCUCCAAGAAGAGGAGAAGAGGAGAAGAGGAGAAGAAAUAAGAAAAAUGAAAAGAAAGAAGAAGAUGAAGAAGAGAAGAAUGAGAAGGAGGAGGAGUAGGAGGAGAAGGAGGAGAAGGCCAAGGACCUUCUAGUCCUUAUCCUCCUCCUCCUUCUCCUUCUUAUCCUCCCUCUUCUUGAUUUCUUCUUCUUCUCCUCCUCCUCCUCUUUUCUUCUCCCCUUUCAUAUUAUCCUUGCUUUAAUUUCCCCAAAAAGACAAUAAUUAGCCCAUUUAGCUCCAAAAUGCCAUAAUAAGGUCAAAAUGGCAUAAGAACCUUGGUUAGCUCAUGAAUAUUAUAUACUUAGCUUGUUUUCCUCUAAUAUGAGAUAUUUAGCCCAUUUAGCUCCAAGAAGACAUAGUUAGCUAAUUUAGCUCCUAGAAGAGGAGAAGAAAUAGGAAAAAUGAAAAGAAAGAAUAAGAAGAAGAAGAGAAGAAGGAGAAGGAGGAGGAGAAGGACGAAGGACGUAGNNNNNNNNNNNNNNNNNNNNNNNNNNNNNNNNNNNNNNNNNNNNNNNNNNNNNNNNNNNNNNNNNNNNNNNNNNNNNNNNNNNNNNNNNNNNNNNNNNNNCACGAAAUAUACGAAAUGAAGUUCAGAAAUUGUUAGCUAAUUUUGUUGAUGUGCCUUUGUAAUGGUCCAUUUUGAACUACACAAAAAGUAUAGGAGUUCAAAUAAGUUUAAAAAAAAUGAAAAUCCCUUUGUAAGAGAUGAGUUCUCAUUCGAAACCCUSCUACUUCGAGAGAGAUUGUCAGUUUUGUACACGAACUGCAUCCAGUUUUUGUCGUAGCCCUCUCAACUUUUUAACACAUGCUAUGUGGGUUAAAUGAUUAUAGUAUGUGAACUUUCAACAUUUUUAGAGUACAUUUGUAGUGCUUUUCAAUUUCAGGGUCAACUAGCUCAAAAAAAAUAAGUAAAUGCACGAAAUAUACGAAAUGAAGUCAGAAAUUGUUGACUAAUUUUGUGAUGUUGACCUUUGGAAUGGUCCAUUUUGAACACACAAAAAGUAUGGAGUUCAAAUAAGUUUAAAAAAAUGAAAUCCCUUUGUAAGAGAUGAGUUCUCGUUCGAAACCCAGCUACUUCCAGAGGAGGGGGGGGGGUUUNNNNNNNNNNNNNNNNNNNNNNNNNNNNNNNNNNNNNNNNNNNNNNNNNNNNNNNNNNNNNNNNNNNNNNNNNNNNNNNNNNNNNNNNNNNNNNNNNNNNUCAAGGSCCUACGUAGCGAUGAGUUCUCGUUCGAAACCCUGCUACUUCGAGAGARAUUGUCAGUUUUGUACACGAACUGCAUCMAGUUUUUCUCGUAGCCCUCUCAACUUUUUAACACAUGCUAUGUGGGUGAAAUGAUGAUAGCAUGCCAACUUUCAACAUUUUCACAGUUCAUUUGUAGUGCUUUUCAAUUUCAGGGUCAACUAGCUCMAAAAAAAUAAGUAAAUGCACGAAAUAUACAAAAUGAAGUAAGAAUUAGUUGAAAUUUUGUGAUGUGCCUUUGAAUGGUGCAUUUUGAACACACAAAAAGCAUGGAGUUCAAAUAAGUUUAAAAAAAUGAAAUCCCUUUGUAAGAGAUGAGUUCUCGUUCGAAACCCUGCUACUUCGAGAGGGAUUGUCAGUUUUCUACAUGAACUGCAUCCAGUUUUUGUCAUAGCCCUUUCAACUUUUUAACACAUGCUAUGUGGGUGAAAUGAUGACAGCAUGCCAACUUUCAACAUUUUCAGAGUUCAUUUGUAGUGCUUUUCAAUUUCAGGGUCAACUAGCUACAAAAAAAUAAGUAAAUGCACGAAAUAUACCAAAUGAAGUCAAGAAAGCNNNNNNNNNNNNNNNNNNNNNNNNNNNNNNNNNNNNNNNNNNNNNNNNNNNNNNNNNNNNNNNNNNNNNNNNNNNNNNNNNNNNNNNNNNNNNNNNNNNNGGUAAAGGAUAGUAGCAUUGUCCCUUCUCUCUUUUCUCUCAUUUUUUUAUUUUUUUCUUCUUUUUUUGGUGGGCUUCUUUGGCCUUCUUUUUACUUCCUCACAUGGGACAAUGMUCYAWYAAUGAUGAUCAUCACACUUACAACUCAAAACUUAGAGCAAUGAUGACUCUAUAUGGAAUGCACUUCGGUAGUGUACCGUGACAAUGAUCUAGCAUGGCAUAGACAUCAAUGGAAACAUCAUGCUAGCUAUCUUAUGAUCAUGCAAUGGCAAUGUAGAAGUGGUGGCACAUGUCAUGGUGGUAGUUUCAUGGCAAUAUAUCUCGGAAUGGCUUUGAAAAAACCAUAGUAGGUAGGUAUGGUGGUUGUUUUGAGGAAGGCAUAUGGUGGGUUUGUGUACCGGCAAAAAAUGCGCGACACUAGAGAGGCUAGCAAUGGUGGAUGGUGAAAGUGCAUCUAUACCAUGGACUCACAUUAGUCAUGAAGAACUCACAUACUUGUUGCGAAAGUUUUUAUUAUUAAUCGAAACAAAGUGCUAAACGCAUACUCCUAGGGGAAGGGUUGGUAGGUGUUAACCAUNNNNNNNNNNNNNNNNNNNNNNNNNNNNNNNNNNNNNNNNNNNNNNNNNNNNNNNNNNNNNNNNNNNNNNNNNNNNNNNNNNNNNNNNNNNNNNNNNNNNUCUGAAAACUUACGACUGCCUGGGAAAAAGGAAUAUCAACCAGCAGAAAAAAGAAUCAACUCAUAAUCUUUUUUCUGAAUAAAAAUGAAAAAUCAUCUCGUGAGCGAAAAGUUUCUAUCUUUUUUUCCAGCAGGAUCAAACGAUCAUCCCCAAGACUAAUCAUAACGGUUUCACUUGGCACAAAGGAAAAAGAAACACAAAAAAACACAAUCAUAACAGAAUUAUGAAAGUAUGGAAAACACUAAACAGAAAGAAAAAGAUAAAUUCAUUGGGUUGCCUCCCAACAAGCGCUAUUGUUUAACGCCCUUAGCUAGGCAUUGAUAAUUCAAUGAUGCUCACACAAAAGACAAGAAUUGAAGCACAACGAGAGCAUCAUAAAGCAUGUGAAAAUCACAUSUAAGUCUAACAUACUUCCUAUGCAUAGGCAUUUUAUAGGAAAMWRAUUGUCAAGACAACCAAUAGUUACCGUAUGCAAGGAAGAAGAAAGAGACAAUAGCAAUCUCCACAUAACGAGAGGUAAUUUGGUAACAUGAAAGUUUCUACCACAAUAUUUUCCUCUCUCAUAGUAAUUACAUGUGGGAUCAUAUUCGAAUUAAACAAUGUAACUAUCACAUAGGAUAUUCUUUUCAUGAUCCACAUGCAUGCAAAGUUGACGCUCUUCAAAAAUAGUCGGAUUAUCAUCAACUAAAGUCAUGAUUUCUCCAAACCCACUUUCAAUGAUAUUGCAAAUAUCAUAUUCAUCAUGAGGCUUAAACAAAUUUUCAAGAUCAUAAGAAAAAUCAUCGCCCCACUCAUGAUCAUUGCAACAAGUAGGGAGMCGMUUAUAUAGAGUGCACUAUGUCCCAUGACAAUUGCCAUUACAAGGGUUUAAAUAUGUCUAANNNNNNNNNNNNNNNNNNNNNNNNNNNNNNNNNNNNNNNNNNNNNNNNNNNNNNNNNNNNNNNNNNNNNNNNNNNNNNNNNNNNNNNNNNNNNNNNNNNNGGAUUCAAAUAAGUUUAAAAAAAAUAGAAAUACCCUUUGUAAGAGAUGAGUUCUCGUUCGAAACCCUGCUACUUCGAGAGAGAUUGUCAGUGUUGUACACGAACUGCAUCCAGCUUUUGUCGUAGCCCUCUCAACUUUCUAACACAUGCUAUGUGGGUUAAAUUAUGAUAGCAUGCCAACUUUCAACAUUUUCAGAGUUCAUUUGUAGUGCUUUUCAAUUUCAGGGUCAACUAGCUCAAAAAAAAGUAAAUGCACGAAAUAUACCAAAUGAAGUCAGAAAUUGUUGAAAUUUUGUGAUGUGCCUUUGAAUGGUGCAUUUUGAACACACAAAAAGUAUGGAGUUCAAAUAAGUUUAAAAAAUAUGAAAUCCCUUUGUUAAGAGAUGAGUUCUCGUUCGAAACCCUGCUACUUCGAGAGAGAUUGUCAGUUUUGUACACGAACUGCAUCCAGUUUUUUUCGUAGCCCUCUCAACUUUUUUAACACAUGCUAUGUGGGUGAAAUGAUGAUAGCAUGUCAACUUUCAACAUUUUCAGAGUUCAUUUGUAGUGCUUUUCAAUUUCAGGGUCAACUAGCUCAMAAAAAAAUAAGUAAAUGCACGAAAUAUACCAAAUGAAGUGAGAAAUUAUUNNNNNNNNNNNNNNNNNNNNNNNNNNNNNNNNNNNNNNNNNNNNNNNNNNNNNNNNNNNNNNNNNNNNNNNNNNNNNNNNNNNNNNNNNNNNNNNNNNNNAAAUGAAGGGCGGGGAGGAGAUGAAAUUUGUACUGACCCACGAAUGGCAGGGGCGGAGCUCGUACAACGCACGGGCAGGUCUUCGCACAGCAGACCUCACAGCGACGAGACAACUACCACAUGUAAAUCCACCCGAUCAACGCAAAUAUUCCAAUUAUGUCAUUUUAGAGGAAAACAAGCUAAGUAUAUAAUAUUCAUGAGCUAACCAAGGUUCUUAUGCCAUUUUGAGCUUAUUAUGGUAUUUUCGAGGUAAAUGGGCUCAUUAUGUCAUUGUUGGGUUAAUUAAAGCAAGGAUAAUAUGAAAGAGGAGAAGAAAGAGGAGGAGGAGGAGAAGAAGAAGAAAUCAAGAAGAAGGAGGAGAAGGAGGGGGAGGAGAAGGACUAGAAGGUCCUUGGCCUUCUCCUCCUCCUCCUCCUCCUCCUUCUCCUUCUUCUCUUCUUCUUCUCUUCUUCUUCUUCUUCUUUCUUUUCAUUUUGCCUAUUUCUUCUCGUCUUCUCCUCUUGUUGGAGCUAAAUUACCUAAUUAUGUCUUUUUUGAGCUAAAUGGGCUAAUUAUCCCAUUUUAGAGGAAAACAAGCUAAGUAUAUAAUAUUAAUGAGCUAACCAAGGUUCUUAUGCCAUUUUGAGCUUAUUAUGGUAUUUUGGAGCUAAAUGGGCUAAUUAUGUCAUUGUUGGGUUAAUUAAAGCAAGGAUAAUAUGAAAGAGGAGAAGAAAGAGGAGGAGGAGGAGAAGAAAAGAASAGGAAGRAGGAGRAGGAGAGGAGAAGGAGGAGGAGGAGAAGGAUAGAAKSUSCUUGGCCUUCUCCUCCUCCUCCUCCUCCUUCUCCUUCUUCUCUUCUUCUUCUUCUUCUUCUUCUUCUUUCUUUUCUAUUUUGCCUUAUUUCUUCUCCUCUUCUCCUCUUGUUGAGCUAAAUUGCUACGUGNNNNNNNNNNNNNNNNNNNNNNNNNNNNNNNNNNNNNNNNNNNNNNNNNNNNNNNNNNNNNNNNNNNNNNNNNNNNNNNNNNNNNNNNNNNNNNNNNNNNAAAUCCCUUUGUAAGAGAUGAGUUCUCGUUCGAAACCCUCCUACUUCGAGAGAGAUUGUCAGUUUUGUACACGAACUGCAUCCAGUUUUGUCGUAGCCCUCUCAACUUUUAACACAUGCUAUGUGGGUGAAAUGAUGAUAGCAUGUAAACUUUCAACAUUUUCAGAGUUCAUUUGUAGUGCUUUUCAAUUUCAGGGUCAACUAGCUACAAAAAAAAAUAGUAAAUGCACGAAAUAUACCAAAUGAAGUGAGAAAUUAUUGAAAUUUUGUGAUGUGCCUUUGAAUGGUACAUUUUGAACACACAAAAAGUAAUGGAGUUCAAAUAAGUUUAAAAAAAAUAGAAAUACCCUUUGUAAGAGAUGAGUUCUCUUUCGAAACCCUGCUACUUCGAGAGAGAUUGUCAGUUUUGUACACGAACUGCAUCCAGUUUUUCUCGUAGCCCUCUCAACUUUAUAACACAUGCUAUGUGGGUGAAAUGAUGAUAGCAUGCCAACUUUCAACAUUUUCAGAGUUCAUUUGUAGUGCUUUUCAAUUUCAGGGUCAACUAGCUACAAAAAAAAAUAAAWAUGCACGAAAUAUGCCAAAUNNNNNNNNNNNNNNNNNNNNNNNNNNNNNNNNNNNNNNNNNNNNNNNNNNNNNNNNNNNNNNNNNNNNNNNNNNNNNNNNNNNNNNNNNNNNNNNNNNNNCGCAUUUACUAUGGAUGACGCAAACUCUUAAGGAUUMWSGUAUKCAUGUGAAACAUGUUCCAUUGUUGCGUUAUAGUGGAAGUGCUAUUAAAAUUAGUUCAUAAUCCACUAAACAUUCACGAACUAAACAUAUUCAAGCGCGACAUCAUUUCAUUCGUGAUCAUGUUGGUAAAGGAGAUAUUAAUCUCAAGCAUGUUCGUACCAACAAACAAUUGGCUGAUAUCUUUACAAAACCACUUGAUGAGAAAGUGUUUUCCAUUUGAGGAGUGAGUUGACCAUCAUAUAUAGAUGCUUCAAACUCGAGCUAGACUCACUCGGAUGCAUGCAAGGGCAUGAGCUUACCUUAUUAUUUCAUGAUGCUAUUGAUGUGACACUAUCUUAUAUCUUGGAAAACUAUGCUCCCUUGUAUUGCAUCUAACCUUACUUUAGGUACUUGGAAGAAUUACAAUUCACAAGAUUUCCAUCAACUCACAUCAAACGCAAUCUUGUCAUGGCCAAGUAUCAACAACCCCUUCUUCGAAUAUNNNNNNNNNNNNNNNNNNNNNNNNNNNNNNNNNNNNNNNNNNNNNNNNNNNNNNNNNNNNNNNNNNNNNNNNNNNNNNNNNNNNNNNNNNNNNNNNNNNNCUCACCACGCCAGAAUGAAACUUCCGACCGCGUCCUCAAAAAUACACCUUCUCAGGUUGCUAAAAUAACCAGAAAGAAUACUGGGCAUCCNCGAAACACUUUUCCGCCGCCGCAAGCUUCCGUUUCCGCGAGAUCUCAUCUGGAGACCCUUCCCAGUGCCCUGCCGGAGGGGACUUUGGAGUUGGAGGGCUUCUACAUCAACAUCAUCGCCUCUCCAAUGACUCGUGAGUAGUCCACUUCAGACCUACGGGUCCGUAGUUAGUAGCUAGAUGGCUUUUUCUCUCUCUUGGAUCUACAAUACAAUGUUUUCCAUGAUCUUCAUGGAGAUCUAUCCGAUGUAAUCCUCUUUGGCGGUGUGUUUGUCGAGAUCCGAUAAAUUGUGGAUUUGUGGUCAGAUUAUCUAUGAAUUAUAUUUGAGUCUUUGCUGAUUUCUUAUAUGCAUGAUUUGAUAUCCUUGUAAGUCUCUCCGAGUCUUGGGUUUUGUUUGGCCAACUAGAUCUAUGAUUCUUGCAAUGGGAGAAGUGCUUGGUUUUGGGUUCAUACCGUGAGGUGACCUUUCCCAGUGAUAGAAGGGGCAGCAAGGCACACAKGGGAUWGKUGCCAUCAAGGGUAACAAGAUNNNNNNNNNNNNNNNNNNNNNNNNNNNNNNNNNNNNNNNNNNNNNNNNNNNNNNNNNNNNNNNNNNNNNNNNNNNNNNNNNNNNNNNNNNNNNNNNNNNNUUGUUGCAAUGAUCAAGAUUGGGGUAAUGAUUUUUCUUAUGAUCUUAAAAAAUUUGUUUAAGCCUCAUGAUGAAUAUGAUAUUUGCAAUAAUAUUGAAGGUGGGUUUGGAGAAGUCAUGACUUUAGUUGAUGAUAAUCCCACUAUUUUUGAUGAGCGUCAACUUUGCAUGUAUGUGGAUCAUGAAAAGAAUAUCCUAUGUGAUAGCUAUAUUGUUGAAUUUGAAUAUGAUCCCACAUGUAAUUAUUGUGAGAGAGGAAAAUAUGGUGGUAGAAAUUUUCAUACCACUAAAUCACCUCUUGUUUUGUUGAGAUUGAUAUUGUCUCUUUCUUCUUCCUUGCAUAUGGUAACUAUUGGUUGUCUUGACAAUUUAUUUUCCUAUAAAAUGCCUAUGCAUAGGAAGUAUGUUAGACUUAGAUGUUAUUUUCACAUGCUUUAUGAUGCUCUCGUUGUGCUUCAAUUCUUGUGUUUUGUGUGAGCAUCAUUGAAUUAUCAAUGCCUAGCUAAGGGCGUUAAACAAUAGCGCUUGUUGGGAGGCAACCCAAUGUAUUUAUCUUUGCUUUUUUUCUUUCUUGUUUUUUUUUUGUGUCCACACCGUCAUAAUUUUGUUAUGAUUGUUGUUUUUUUUUGUUUUCUUUUUUGUUGUUUGAGCCAAGUAAACCUUUAUGACUGGUUUUGGUGAUGUUGUUUGAUCUUNNNNNNNNNNNNNNNNNNNNNNNNNNNNNNNNNNNNNNNNNNNNNNNNNNNNNNNNNNNNNNNNNNNNNNNNNNNNNNNNNNNNNNNNNNNNNNNNNNNNUUCUGAUUAUGAACAAGGUGUUGUUGCUUGACAACUGGAUCACGUCAUUAGGAGAAUCAUGUGAUGGACUAGACCCAAACUAAUAGACGUAGCAUGUUGAUCGUGUCAUUUUUGUUGCUACUGUUUUCUGCGUGUCAAGUAUUUAUUCCUAUGACCAUGAGAUCAUAUAACUCACUGACACCGGAGGAAUGCUUUGUGUGUAUCAAAUGUCGCAACGUAACUGGGUNACUAUAAAGAUGCUCUACAGGUAUCUCCGAAGGUGUUCGUCGAGUUAGUAUGGAUCGAGAGUGGGAUUUGUCACUCCGUGUGACGGAGAGGUAUCUCGGGGCCCACUCGGUAAUACAACAUCACACACAAGCCUUGCAAGCAAUGUGACUUAGUGUAAGUUGCGGGAUCUUGUAUUACGGAACGAGUAAAGAGACUUGCCAGUAAACGAGAUUGAAAUAGGUAUGCGGAUACUGACGAUCGAAUCUCGGGCAAGUAACAUACCGAAGGACAAAGGGAAUGACAUACGGGAUUAUAUGAAUCCUUGGCACUGAGGUUCAAACGAUAAGAUCUUCGUAGAAUAUGUAGGAUCCAAUAUGGGCAUCCAGGUCCCGCUAUUGGAUAUUGACCGAGGAGUCACUCGGUUCAUGUCUACUUGGUUCUCGAACCCGCAGGGUCUGCACACUUNNNNNNNNNNNNNNNNNNNNNNNNNNNNNNNNNNNNNNNNNNNNNNNNNNNNNNNNNNNNNNNNNNNNNNNNNNNNNNNNNNNNNNNNNNNNNNNNNNNNGUAGUAUGUUGAUAGGACUAUGUAUUGGAGGGCAAGGGUGACAGAAGCUUCAUCCUAGCAUCGAAAUUGAUGCAUACGGGAUUGAAGGGGGAACAAUAUAUUUUAUUGCUAUGGUUGGGUUUUACCUUAAUGAACGUUAGUAGUUGCGGAUGCUUGCUAAUAGUUCCAAUCAUAAGUGCAUAGAAUUCCAAGUAAGGGAUGACAUGCUAGCAGUGGCCUCUCCCACAUAAAACUUGCUAUCGGUCUAGUAACGUAGUCAAUUGCUUAGGGACAAUUCCGCAACUCCUACCACCAAUUUUCCACACUUGUUAAACUAACGUAAUUGUUCUUAGCAGCCCCUAGUCUUUAUUUACGUGUUCUUUCUUUUCUUGCAAACCUAUCCUAUCACUCCUACAAAGUACUUCUAGUUUCAUACUUGUUCUAGGUAAAGCGAACGUAAAGUGUGCGUAGAGUUGUAUCGGUGGUCGAUAGAACUUGAGCGAAUAUGAUCCUACUUUAGCUCCUCGUUGGUUCGACACUCUUACUUAUCGGCUACGUCGNNNNNNNNNNNNNNNNNNNNNNNNNNNNNNNNNNNNNNNNNNNNNNNNNNNNNNNNNNNNNNNNNNNNNNNNNNNNNNNNNNNNNNNNNNNNNNNNNNNNAUCCCCAAGCUUAACUCCUGCUCGUCCUCGAGUAGGGAAGUGAUAAAGACCGAAUUUUUGAUGUGGAAUGCUACCUAACAUACUUGUCCUUUGUAACUUCUUUCAUGUGACAUGAAUGUUCAGAUCCAUGAGAUUCAAAACAAUAGUUUUCUAUUGACAUGAAAACAAUAAUACUUCAAGCAAACUAGCAAGGUAAUCAUGAACUUUCGAAAUAACAAGGCUAAAGAAAGUUAUCCCUACAAAAUCAUAUAGUCUGGCUAUGCUCCAUCAUCCCCACAUAAUGAAUUUAAAUCAUGCACAACCCCGGWAUUGGCCAAGUAAUUGUUUUCGCACUCUUUUACUUUCUCAAACUUUUUAUAACUAUCACGCAAUACAUCAGCGUGAGCCAUGGAUAUUGUACUAUAGGUGGAAUAGAGUGUGGUGGUGGUUGUGAGAGAAAAAGGAGGAGAUGGUCACAUUGACUCGGCGUAUACGAAAGGGCUAGUGGAGAUGACCCAUUAAUAGAUAUNNNNNNNNNNNNNNNNNNNNNNNNNNNNNNNNNNNNNNNNNNNNNNNNNNNNNNNNNNNNNNNNNNNNNNNNNNNNNNNNNNNNNNNNNNNNNNNNNNNNCACGUAGCUAUGAAAGAGGAGAAGAAAUAGGAGGAGGAGGAGAAGAAGAAAAAUCAAGAAGAAGGAGGUGAAGGAGAUGGAGGAGAAGGACUAGAAGGUCCUUGGCCUUCUCCUCCUCCUUCUCMUUCUUCUCUUCUUCWUCUUMUUCUUUCUUUUCAUUUUUCUUAUUUCUUCUCCUCUUCUCCUCUUCUCCUCUUCUUGGAGCUAAAUUACCUAAUUAUGUCUUUUUGGAGCUAAAUGGGCUAAUUAUCUCAUUUUAUAGGAAAACAAGCUAAGUAUAUAAUAUUCAUGAUCUAACCAAGGUUCUUAUGCCAUUUUGAGGUUAUUAUGGCAUUUUGGAGCUAAAUGAGCUAAUUAUGUCUUUUUGGGGAAAUUAAAGCAAGGAUAAUAUGAAAGAGGAGAAGAAAGAGGAGGAGGAGGAGAAGAAGAAGAAAUCAAGAAGAAGGAGGAAGAAAAAGGAGAAGGAGGAGGAGAUAAGGACUAGAAGGUCCUGGCCUUCUCCUCCUUCUCCUCCUACCUCCUCCUCCGCUCGUNNNNNNNNNNNNNNNNNNNNNNNNNNNNNNNNNNNNNNNNNNNNNNNNNNNNNNNNNNNNNNNNNNNNNNNNNNNNNNNNNNNNNNNNNNNNNNNNNNNNAGGAGACUAUUAAACGGAGUCCAAACGGAAUAAAACCUGCGGAAUGAUUUUUUCCAUAACAGAAGACACGCAGGAGACUUGAGAACCAGGGAAGGGGACCUCGGAGGAGGUCACAAGCCACCUAGGACCGACCUAGGGGGAGGGCGGGCCUAGCAGGCUUGUGGGCCCCCUGUGGUUCCCCUGCCCUAGUUCUUCCGCCUAUAAAUUCCAUAAAAAUCUGAAAACACGAAAGAGAGCCACGAAAAUACUUUUCCACCGCCGCAAGCUUCUCUCUCCGCAAGAUCCCAUCUGGGGAACGUUCUGGUGCCCUGCCGGAGGGGGAUUCGCACACUGAGGGCUUCUUCAUGAAAACCNUUGCCUCUCCGAUGAUGCGUGAGUAGUUCACCAUAGACCCUWCSGGUCCWUAGCUAGUAGCUAGAUGGCUUCUUCUCUCUCUURGAUMUUCAAUACAAAGUUCUCCAUGAUCUUCAUGGAGWUCUAUCCAAUGUAAUAUUCUUUUGCGGUGUGUUUGUCGAGAUUCGAUGAAUUGUGGAUUUAUGAUCAUAUUAUCUAUGAAUCUUAUUUGAGUUUCUUCUGAUCUCUUAUAUGCAUGAUUUCAUAUCCUUGUAAUUCUCUUCGAGUUGUGGGUUUUGUUUGGCCAACUAGAUCUAUGAUUCUUGCAAUGGGAGAAGUGCUUGGUUUUGGGUUCAUACCGUGCGGUGACCUUUCCCAGUGACAAAAGGGGCAGCAAGGCACACAGGGGAUAGGNNNNNNNNNNNNNNNNNNNNNNNNNNNNNNNNNNNNNNNNNNNNNNNNNNNNNNNNNNNNNNNNNNNNNNNNNNNNNNNNNNNNNNNNNNNNNNNNNNNNGCUUUUCAUGAACUUAGUACACUAGAUGCAUGCUGGAUAGCGGUCGAUGUGUGGAGUAAUAGUAGUAGAUGCAGAAAGUAUCGGUCUACUUGUCUCGAACGUGAUGCCUAUAGAUAUGAUCAUUGCCAUAGAUAACGUCAUGACUUUGCGCGGUUCUAUAAAUUGCUCGACAGUAAUUCGUUCACCCACCGUCUACUUGCUUUCAUGAGAGAAGCCACUAGUGAACACUACAGCCCCCCGGGUCUAUUCACAACUAUCGUUUCCACUUUUACUUUUACUUUGGUUUGUUUACUUUUUGCUUUCAGUUCUCACUUUGCAAACAAUCUAUAAGGGAUUGACAACCCCUUCAUAGCAUUGGGUGCAAGCUCUUUGUGUUUGUGCAGGUACUUGUGACUUGACGCGAUCCUCCUACKSKACKUGAUACCUUGGUUCUGAAACUGAGGGAACUACUUACCGCCGCUGUGCUACAUCACCCUUUCCUCUUCAAGGGAACAACAACGCAAGGCUCCAAGGCACGCNNNNNNNNNNNNNNNNNNNNNNNNNNNNNNNNNNNNNNNNNNNNNNNNNNNNNNNNNNNNNNNNNNNNNNNNNNNNNNNNNNNNNNNNNNNNNNNNNNNNAUCACACCAUAGGGUUAGUAUUAUGUUGAUAGGACUAUGUAUUGGAGGGGAAGGGUGAUAGAAGCUUCAGCCUAGCAUAGAAACUGAUGCAUGCGGGAUUGAAGGGGCCCAAUAUAUCUUAUUGCUAUGGUUGGGUUUUAACUUAUUGAACGUUAGUAGUUGCGGAUGCUUGCUAAUAGAUCCAAUCAUAAGUGCAUAGAAUUUCAAGUAAGGGAUGACAUGCUAGCAGUGGCCUCUCCCACAUAAAACUUGCUAUCAGUCUAGUAACCGUAGUCAAUUGCUUAGGGACAAUUUCCGCAACUCCUACCACCACUUUUCCACACUCGUUAAACUAACGUAAUUUUUUCUUAGCAGCCCCUAGUCUUUAUUUACGUGUUCUUUCUUUUCUUGCAAACCUAUCCUAUCACUCCUACAAAGUACUUCUAGUUUCAUACUUGUUCUAGGUAAAGCGAACGUAAAGUGUGCGUAGAGUUGUAUCGGUGGUCGAUAGAACUUGAGCGAAUAUUGAUCCUACCUUUAGCUCCUCGUUGGGUUCGACACUCUUACUUAUCGAGAAAGGCUACAAUUGAUCCCCUAUACUUGUGGGUUAUCAAGACCUUUGCUACGUGNNNNNNNNNNNNNNNNNNNNNNNNNNNNNNNNNNNNNNNNNNNNNNNNNNNNNNNNNNNNNNNNNNNNNNNNNNNNNNNNNNNNNNNNNNNNNNNNNNNNAUGCUUUUCAAUUUAAGGGUCAUGUAGCUCAAAAAAAUCAGUAAAUGCAUGAAAAAUACAAAAUGCAGUCAUAAAUUGUUCAAAAUUGAUGAUGUGGCUUUAAAUGGUGCAUUUUGAACACACAAAAAGUCUGGAGUUCAAAUAAGUUCAAAAAGAUGAAAUCCCUUUGUAAUAGAUGAGUUUUCAUGUGAAUCUGUGAUACUUCGAAAGAGAUUCUCCGUUUUGUACACGAAGUGCAUCCAGUUUUUGCCAUAACCCUCUCAACUAUUUAGCACAUGCUUUGUGGGUGAAAUGAUGAUACUAUGCCAAUUUUCAAUCUUUUCAGAGGUGAUUUGUAGUGCUUUUCAAUUUAAGGGUCAUUUAGCUCAAAAAAACAAUAAAUUUAUGAAAAAUACCAAAUGAAGUCAAAAAUUGUUGAAAAUUGAUGAUGUGGCUUUGAAUGGUGCAUUUUGAACACACAAAAAGUAUGGAGUUCAAAUAAUAUCAAUAAAAUGAAAUCCCUUUGUAACAGAUGAGUUUUCGUAUGAAACCCUCAUACUUCGAAAGAGAUUGUCCAUUUUGUACACAAAGUGCAUCCAGUUUUUGCGCAACCCUCUCAACUUUUUAGCACAUCCUAUGUCGGUGAAAUGAUGAUACCAUGCCAACUUUCAACCUUUUUAGAGUUUAUUUGUAGUGCUUUCCAAUUUAAGGGUCAUUUAGUCCAAAAUAUCAGUAAAUGCAUGAAAAAUAGCAAAUGAAGUCAGAAUUUGUUGAAAAUUGAUGAUGUGGCUUUGAAUGGUGCAUUUUGAGAAAUGUUGUGACCUAAAAGCAAAAAAGAAUCAACGAAAAACAAUAAGUAGGAACAAGAAAAAGUAAAGUAAAAAAUAAAACAAAAAACUAGAUUUAAAAAAAAUGCCACCUACUAGGCCACAACGGCGUGAAUACGACUAGAAACCCAUCCUCCUGGUUGGGCCAGGAUUCAGGCCCACACAAGGCCCAAUAGGCCCACAGGCAGUGACAGAUUAGGUCCGAAAGCUUGCAGUUGAGAGGAGCUCGACAGAUUGUGCGCAGCAGCGAUUAUAAACCACUCGCGAGCUCUCUCGGCAAGCGAGGUGGGACUAAAAAUUUAGACCCGGGCAACACCACACUUUGGUCCCGGUUGGUGCCUCCAACCGGGACCAAUACCACCCUUUCGUCCCGGUUGGAGCCACCAACCGAUACUAAAGGUCUCUUCUUCCCGCCCUUUUGGACUGCUGAAAAUUGACCUUUAGUCCCGGUUGGUGGCUCCAACCGGGACAAAAGGGUGGCAUUGGUGUCGGUUGGAGCUACCAACGGGGACCAAAGGUGUUCGCAUAUAUGGCGGGACUUACCAAAAUUUCUACCAACUCCCAUUUGCCCCGUUCUCUUCUCUCCUCACCGUCGUCGUUGCCGCCCCGAGCCCGUCGCCGCCGGCCCGCGCCUUCUCCACGAGCCCAUCGUCAUUGUCGCCAUCGCCCCGAGCCCGUUGUCACGCCGAGCCCGUCGUCGCCCCGAGCCCGUCACCGUCGUCGUCGCCCCCGAGCCUGUCGCCGUCGUCGUCAUCCCGAGCCCGUCAUCACCGUCACCCCCGAGGCCAUAAACGUCCCCGCUGCCGUCGCCCCCGAGCCCAUCGCCCCAAGCCAAUCGCCGUCGCCGUCACUGAUAACCCACAAGUAUAGGGGAUCAAUUGUAGCCUUUCUCGAUACGUAAGAGUGUUGAACCCAACGAGGAUCUAAAGGUAGGAUAAAUAUUCCCUCAAGUUCUAUCGACCACCGAUACAACUCUACGCACACUUCACGUUCGCUUUACCUAGAACAAGUAUGAAACUAGAAGUACUUUGUAGGAGUGAUAGGAUAGGUUUGCAAGAAAAGAAAGAACACGUAAAUAAAGACUAGGGGCUGCUAAGAAAAAAUUACGUUAGUUUAACGAGUGUGGAAAAGUGGUGGUAGGAGUUGCGGAAUUGUCCCUAAGCAAUUGACUACGUUACUAGACUGAUAGCAAGUUUUAUGUGGGAGAGGCCACUGCUAGCAUGUCAUCCCUUACUUGAAAUUCUAUGCACUUAUGAUUGGAUCUAUUAGCAAGCAUCCGCAACUACUAACGUUCAAUAAGUUAAAACCCAACCAUAGCAAUAAGAUAUAUUGGGCCCCCUUCAAUCCCGCAUGCAUCAGUUUCUAUGCUAGGCUGAAGCUUCUAUCACCCUUCCCCUCCAAUACAUAGUCCUAUCAACAUAAUACUAACCCUAUCGUGUGAUCCACGCGCGCGCUCAUAUGAUGGGCACCAAAGGACAGCAACAUAACCACAAGCAAAUCAAACCAAUCACACCAAUUCAUCAAUAACCGAUAGGACAACAAAAAUCUACUCAGACAUCAUAGGAUGGCAACACAUCAUCGGAUAAUAAUAUGAAGCACAAAGCACCAUGUUCAAGUAGAGGGUACAGCGGGUUGCGGGAGAGUGGACCGCUGAAUAUAGAUGGGGGAAGGAGAAGGAGGUGUUGGUGAAGAUGACGGACGUGUUGGUGUAGAUCGCUGUCACACGAUGAUGUCCCGGGCGGCGUUCCGGCACCGCCGGGAGAGAGGGGGAGGGAGCCCCCCUUCUUCUUCUUCUUCCUUGACCUCCUCCCUAGAUGGGAGAAGGGUUUCCCCUCUGGUCCAUGGUCUCCAUGGCGGCGGAGGGGCGAGAGCCCCUCCGAGAUUGGAUCUCUCUCUGUGUGUCCUUCUGUUUGUGCGCUCCCAGAUUCUGCCUUUCACCGUUUCUUAAAAUUCCCGGAGAUCCAUAACUCCAAGUGGGCUGAUUUUAACACGAUUUUCUUCCGGAUAUUAGCUUUCUUGCGGCGAAAGAAGGGCCCCAACCGCCUUAGGGAUUGGUCACAAGCCUGCCUGCCGUGCCCUAGGGGGCACCUCCUAGGCUUGUGACCCCCUCGGGCAUCGUUUUGCGUUGAUUCUUCUUCCCAAAAAUCAUAAAUAUUCCAUAAAAAAUCACCAUAGGUUUUUUAUUGUGUUUGGACUUCGUUUGGUAUGGAUAUUAUACGAAACAAAAAACAUGCAACAAACAGGAACUGGCACUGGGAACUGGAUCAAUAUUUUAGUCCCAAAAAUAGUAUAAAAAGUUGCCAAAAGUAUAUGUAAGUUGUAGAAUAUUGGCAUGAAACAAUCAAAAAUUAUAGAUACGACGGAGACGUAUCAGCAUCCCCAAGCUUAAUUUCUGCUCGUCCUCGAGUAUGUUGGAAUUAUGCCCUAGAGGCAAUAAUAAAUAUAGUUAUUAUUAUAAUUCCUGUAUCAAGAUAAUCGUUUAUUGUCCAUGCUAUAAUUGUAUUGAAUGAAGACUCAUCUACAUGUGUGCAUACAUAGACAAAACACCGUCCCUAGCAAGCCUCUAGUUGGCUAGCCAGUUGAUCAAAGAUAGUCAGUGUCUUCAGAUUAUGAACAAGGUGUUGUUGCUUGAUAACUGGAUCACGUCAUUAGGAGAAUCACGUGAUGGACUAGACCCAAACUAAUAGAUGUAGCAUGUUGAUCGUGUCAUUUUUGUUGCUACUGUUUUCUGCGUGUCAAGUAUUUAUUCCUAUGACCAUGAGAUCAUAUAACUCACUGACACCGGAGGAAUGCUUUGUGUGUAUCAAACGUCGCAACAUAACUGGGUGACUAUAAAGAUGCUCUACAGGUAUCUCCGAAGUUGUUAGUUGAGUUAGUAUGGAUCAAGACUGGGAUUUGUCACUCCGUGUGACGGAGAGGUAUCUCGGGGCCCACUCGGUAAUACAACAUCACACACAAGCCUUGCAAGCAAUGUAACUUAGUGUAAGUUGCGGGAUCUUGUAUUACGGAACGAGUAAAGAGACUUACCGGUAAAUGAGAUUGAAAUAGGUAUACGGAUACUGAUGAUCGAAUCUCGGGCAAGUAACAUACCGAAGGACAAAGGGAAUGACGUACGGGAUUAUAUGAAUCCUUGGCACUAAGGUUCAAACGAUAAGAUCUUCGUAGAAUAUGUAGGAUCCAAUAUGGGCAUCCAGGUCCCGCUAUUGGAUAUUGACCGAGGAGUCUCUCGGGUCAUGUCUACAUAGUUCUCGAACCCGCACGGUCUGCACACUUAAGGUUCGACGUUGUUUUAUGCGUAUUUGAGUUAUAUGGUUGGUUACCGAAUGUUGUUCGGAGUGCCGGAUGAGAUCACGAACGUCACGAGGGUUUCCGGAAUAGUCCGGAAACGAAGAUUGAUAUAUAGGAUGACCUCAUUUGAUUACCGAAAGGUUUUCGGAGUUACCGGGAAUGUACCGGGAAUGACGAAUGGGUUCCGGGAGUUCACCGGGGGNNNNNNNNNNNNNNNNNNNNNNNNNNNNNNNNNNNNNNNNNNNNNNNNNNNNNNNNNNNNNNNNNNNNNNNNNNNNNNNNNNNNNNNNNNNNNNNNNNNNCGAAUCUCGGGCAAGUAACAUACCGAAGGACAAAGGGAAUGACGUACGGGAUUAUAUGAAUCCUUGGCACUGAGGUUCAAACGAUAAGAUCUUCGUAGAAUAUGUAGGAUCCAAUAUGGGCAUCCAGGUCCCGCUAUUGGAUAUUGACCGAGGAGUCUCUCGGGUCAUGUCUACAUAGUUCUCGAACCCGCAGGGUCUGCACACUUAAGAUUCGACGUUAUUUUAUGCGUAUUUGAGUUAUAUGGUUGGUUACCGAAUGUUGUCCGGAGUCCCAGAUGAGAUCACGGACGUCACGAGGGUUUCCGGAAUAGUCCGGAAACAAAGAUUGAUAUAUAGGAUGACCUCAUUUGAUUACCGGAAGGUUUUCGGAGUUACCGGGAAUGUACCGGGAAUGACGAAUGGGUUCCGGGAGUUCACCGGGGGGGGGGGGGGCAACCCGCCCCGGGGAAGCCCAUAGGCCUUGAGGGUGGCACACCAGCCCUUAGUGGGCUGGUGGGACAGCCCAAAAGGGCUCUAUGCGCCAAGAAGAGAAAAUCANNNNNNNNNNNNNNNNNNNNNNNNNNNNNNNNNNNNNNNNNNNNNNNNNNNNNNNNNNNNNNNNNNNNNNNNNNNNNNNNNNNNNNNNNNNNNNNNNNNNGAGCUCCCGCUCCUUCUCCUUCUUCUUCUCCUUCUUCUCCUUCUUCUUCUCCUUCUUCUUCUUAUCCUUUUGUCCCCUUCUUCUUAUCCUCCUCCCUCUCCUCCUUCUUCUUCUCCUUUUUCCUCUUCCUUCCUUUCAUUUUCCUCUUUUUCUCUUCUUGUCCCCUUCUUCGGGCUAAAUUGGCUAAGAAUGCCUUUUUGGAGCUAAUUAUGUCAUUUCGAGGAUAAUUAGCUAAGUAUAGGUCAUUUUUUAUUAAAUAGGCCAUUUUGGAGCUAACUAAGCUAAUUAUGUCCUUUCGUAGGAUAAUUAGCCAAUUUAGCCUUUCUUGGAUAAGUCUAAGCUACGUAGAAGAAGAGAUAGAGAAGAAGAAGUAAAAUAAGGAGGAGGAGGAGGAGAAGAAGAAGGAAGAGGAGAAGAAGAAGAAAAGAAGAAGGAGAAGGAGAAGAAGAAGGAGAAGGAGAAGGAGGAAGAAGGGGAAGGAGGAGCUCCUUCUCCUUCUCCUCCUUCUUCUCCUUCUUCUUCUCCUCCUCCCUCUCCUCCUUCUUCUUCUCCUUUUUCCUCUUCCUUCCUUUCAUUUUCCUCUUUUUCUCUUCUUGUCCCCUUCUUCGGGCUAAAUUGGCUAAGAAUGCCUUUUUGGAGCUAAUUAUGUCAUUUCGAGGAUAAUUAGCUAAGUAUAGGUCAUUUUUUAUUAAAUAGGCCAUUUUGGAGCUAACUAAGCUAAUUAUGUCAUUUCGUAGGACAAUUAGCCAAUUUAGCCUUUCUUGGAUAAGUCUAAGCUACGUAGAAGAAGAGAUAGAGAAGAAGAARUAAAAUAAGGAGGAGGAGGAGGAGGAGGAGGAGAAGAAGAAGGAGAAGAAGAAGAAAAUAAGAAGGAGAAGGAGGAAGAAGAAGGAGUAGGAGGAGCUCCUUCUCCUUCUCCUCCUUCUUCUCCUUCUUCUCCUUCUUCUUCUCCUCCUCCCUGUCCUCCUUCUUCUCCUUAUUUUUCCUCUUCCCUCCUUUCAUUUUUCCUCUUUUUCUCUUCUUGUCCCCUUCUUCGGGCUAAAUUGGCUAAGAAUGCCUUUUUGGAGCUAAUUAUGUCAUUUCGAGGAUAAUUAGCUAAGUAUAUGUAAUUUUUUAUUAAAUAGGCCAUUUUGGAGCUAACUAAGCUAAUUAUGUCAUUUCGUAGGAUAAUUAGCCAAUUUAGCCUUUCUUGGAUGAGUCUAAGCUACGUAGAAGAAGAGAUAGAGAAGAAGAAGUAAAAUAAGGAGGAGGAGGAGGAGGAGGAGAAGAAGAAGGAAGAGGAGAAGAAGAAGAAAAGAAGAAGGAGAAGAAGGAGAAGAAGAAGGAGAAGGAGAAGGAGGAAGAAGGAGGAAGAAGAAGGGGAAGGAGGAGCUCCUUCUCCUUCUUCUCCUUCUUCUCCUUCUUCUUCUCCUCCUCCCUCUCCUCCUUCUUCUUCUCCUCAUUUUUCCUCUUCCUUCCUUUCAUUUUCCUCUUUUUCUCUUCUUGUCCCCUUCUUCGGGCUAAAUUGGCUAAGAAUGCCUUUUUGGAGCUAAUUAUGUCAUUUCGAGGAUAAUUAGCUAAGUAUAGGUCAUUUUUUAUUAAAUAGGCCAUUUUGGAGCUAACUAAGCUAAUUAUGUCAUUUCGUAGGAUAAUUAGCCAAUUUAGCCUUUCUUGGAUGAGUCUAAGCUACGUAGAAGAAGAGAUAGAGAAGAAGAAGUAAAAUAAGGAGGAGGAGGAGGAGGAGGAGGAGAAGAAGAAGGAAGAGGAGAAGAAGAAGAAAAGAAGAAGGAGAAGGAGAAGGAGAAGGAGAAGGAGGAAGAAGGAGGAAGAAGAAGGGGAAGGAGGAGCUCCUUCUCCUUCUCCUCCUUCUUCUCCUUCUUCUUCUCCUCCUCCCUCUCCUCCUUCUUCUCCUCAUUUUUCCUCUUCCUUCCUUUCAUUUUCCUCUUUUUCUCUUCUUGUCCCCUUCUUCGAGCUAAAUUGGCUAAGAAUGCCUUUUUGGAGCUAAUUAUGUCAUUUCGAGGAUAAUUAGCUAAGUAUAGGACAUUUUUUAUUAAAUAGGACAUUUUGGAGCUAACUAAGCUAAUUAUGUCAUUUCGUAGGACAAUUGGCUAAUUUAGCCUUUCUUGGAUGAGUCUAAGCUACGUAGAAGAAGAGAUAGAGAGGAAGAAGUAAAAUAAGGAGGAGGAGGAGGAGGAGGAGGAGGAGGAGAAGAAGGAAGAGGAGAAGAAGAAGAAAAGAAGAAGGAGAAGGAGAAGAAGAAGGAGAAGGAGAAGGAGGAAGAAGAAGGAGUAGGAGGAGCUCCUUCUCCUUCUCCUCCUUCUUCUCCUUCUUCUCCUUCUUCUUCUCCUCCUCCCUCUCCUCCUUCUUCUCCUCAUUUUCCUCUUCCCUCCUUUCAUUUUCCUCUUUUCUCUUCUUGUCCCCUUCUUCGGGCUAAAUUGGCUAAGAAUGCCUUUUUGGAGCUAAUUAUGUCAUUUCGAGGAUAAUUAGCUAAGUAUAGGUCAUUUUUUAUUAAAUAGGCCAUUUUGGAGUUAACUAAGCCAAUUAUGUUAUUAGAUGGAAGUCUAGCUAUUUUGGGGCUAACUAAGCUAAUUAUGUCAUUAGAUGGAAGUCUAGCUAUUUUUUAUUAAAACACUAGAAAUAACAUACCUAAGUUAGGGUGAAGCACGGUGGCUCUGGCUUGUUUCACCUGGAGAAGGCUGCCCUGGAGAAGGCUCGACUGUAGAAGGGUCAUGCGAUGCGUUUCGGGACAUAUUCUGCACCAAACAUCGUUUGCAAUGUGUAGUUAGCAUGAGGACACUCUUAAGAUCACUCCACUGAAAUGAAACUCACCGUCCCCGCCACGUUAAUGACUGGCAUCGGCGGAGGGACUUGGCCGUUCUUCUCGCACAUAGACUGUACAUUUGGUUUCGACAAGUCAAACUUUUUAUUUAUUAAUGAAACGGACAUUCAAAUGCAAGAUUUGAAAUAACAUGAAGAAGAAACUUACCACGAAGAGCUCGUAUAUGGCCCUGGUAGACGCUUCAUUCCGUGCCCUCUCCGCCUCCACCAAUGCAGUCGUCCUCUCCUCCAGCUCCCUAAUUUCCUUAUCCUUCUCCGCCAUAGCCGCCUGCAUUGCCGCUCUCUCUUUCUGAAUAGCAGCCUGCAACACAACUCAUUGUUAGCAAUGUAAUCAUAUUGGUUCCAACGCACAACAUAAUGCGGAAAGAUUGUUCAGUCCAUUAAACUAACCUCGAUGGCGAGCUCGACUGGCCGUGGACGACGUGUUAUCUCCGGACAAGAGCUCGUUUGGCGUGCCUUUAUCUACCGGAGAGUGCUAGGACAACGUAUAAGGCCGUCUCCAAUGGCGAUCGAGCCAUGGGGCCUCCCGUUGCCAGCUAUCAUCACCAGCUCUGGAUCAAUUGGCCCCUCGCUCGGGUUAAAGUCCUCCCCUUUCCUCGCCUUCCCGUGAUCUCUGUACUUCACGAGCUUGUCGUGGGAGGAGAUGUUGGUGAAGUUUUCUGGAUGCUCGAGGUCAGACUCACAGAAUGCCUUGACCUUCUUGUACGAGGCAGUAUGGGCCAUCGCAUACAGGUCGUACAUCUGUGGCGCCUCCGUCUUAUUGUGACGCGCCUAAAAGAGAGAGAGCAGAAAAUUGUAUUGGUAAAGGGCUCAAGAUAGCAUUAAGAAUGAAUUGCAUGAGGCAUGAACCAAACCACAUACCCAGUUCUCGCCAAAUUGGAUUAAGUUGACGCUCCCUUGAUGGUGUGGCACGCCAACCAUUUUGCCACGCCUCUCCUUGGCGUUGUUGUGGCUGGUCUCCCACGUUUUGGAGCACCACUGGUCCACCAAGGCCUCCCAACAAUCCAUCUUAUCCACACACCAUCUAGGGGGCACCUAAGUUAAUAAAGAGAAAUUUGAGUGCGUAAGAACCAAAUCAAGGAAACUAACUACAAAGCCUUAAUAAUAUGUAAUUACCUUCAUGUAAUGCUCCUUCUCCAUCUUAGCAUCAUGGCACUUCGCCUUAUCAAUCCUAAUACGCCGCGUGGCAUAGUAGUCUCGAACAGCCUGCACCCGAGCCUCGUGCCGAAAGUUUUGAAGUAGGCGGCGACAUUCGGUUUCGAUAACCUUUGCCGCGUCGUCCUCGUAUCCCUCCUCACACCUGUAGAAGGUCUGCAAACGGGACAACACCGAUUAGUACAAUAAAUAGCUAUGGUUAAUUUAUAAUUGUGUGAAAGAGAAAUUACCCAGAACUUUCGGAUCACCAUGUCCGCCCUCGUGUCACACAAAACACCGUCGAUCUCCACCUCCGGCGGGGCCAGGGCACCCAAGUAGUGCUCCCAGGUCAUCCCUACCUCUCGCUCCCGACCGGGCAACGUAACAAACCCUGGGAAGUUUUGACGGCAAAGAACACCGAGGACGCUGUUGGGCUUGCGGACACCCUUGGCAACAAUCCAACCCCUACAGUAUGACAAAUUAAAGCCAAAACAUUAGAUAUUUGAGAAAACGCGAAGGCAAAAGGUUAAAUAAGAGUAAAUUAACUUACUUGUCCCCAUUUGGCCUAAUCGAGCACCUCUGCUCGGGGGUCGCUGGCACGAGCGGGAGCCCCGAACUACCACGCUGGUAGACGGUAUCCCCCUCACCCAGCUCCUCGUCGCUACCAGCAUGGCAGUUGGCUCUGGCCAGGGAUCCCACUGGGUCUCUUGGGACGUACCCUCAUCCCUGCUGUGCUCCGCAGUCGUGUGGAAGGAAGCCUCUGGGACACGAGUCUCGUGGGUCAAAGGCUCGUCGACCUGAGGCUCGUCGACCCGAGGCUCGUGAACCGGAGACCGUGUAGCCUCCACCUCAGACGAAUCCACCCUAGAAGUCCUCCUGUGCUCAGGUGAAUCAGCUUGGGGUGGUGGCGGAGACCGUGUAUCCCUACCUCUCCCGCGGCCACGUGUACCUUUAGUACAACAUAAAUACCAACAUGAGUAAUAAAAUGUAUAUAAAUACCAAUAUGCAUACAACAUGAGUACAACAUAAAUACCAACACGAAUACAACGUGUACCUUUAGUGCCUCUCGGCUUCGCGGGUGGUCGACCUCCUCUCACGGGGGCCGCUCCUUGCAUACUAGAGAGCAACACUCUCCGAAGAGGCGAGGCCGGAAUGGAAGUACCCAUCCCAUCACCCGCCGACGAAGAAGCAGCCGCGGCAUGCUUUCGACCCUUUCCCACCAUCUUUCAACACCUGUCAUGACAAAGAGUAAAUGAAAUUAGUACAACAUAAAUACCAACAUGACUAAUAAAAAUUGAAUACCUAACAUGAACUCAAAAUUUAUAUAUAGUAUAAUAGUUGAAUACCUGACAUGAACUAAUAACAAUCGUCCUCGUCUAUAUAUGCUUCGGGGUCAAUAAAUGCAUCAUGAUCAUCACUAUCAUCAAUAAAUGCAUCAUCAUCAUCACUAUCUAGAAGAACAUGUGGAAGGCCACCAUUAUGUAAUCGGUCAAGAAGUGACAGGUCAUCCGCAGCAGUAACCUCUUCUUCUUCCAGAUCUUCCUCUUCGGGCUCAGGGGUUAAGACGGAUUCACUGUCACUGUCUACUUCAAUGUUCUGGGGUGAAGUAGAGCGGUUCUUGAAACGUUUCUUGGACAUACGUGUUUCUUGGAAGAAUUCUCCUUCAUAUGUGUCUGGGUUAAUGUGAGGUUCGUAAUCCUCUUCAUUGAGGGUAGGUGGUCUAAAAUGUGGUGGCACAUCAUAAACGACAUCCCAACCUUUGAGAUUUGGAUCAAUUUGGCAGGCCCACGGUAGAUAGAAAACUUGUGUCGCCUGUUGAGACAUAAUAUAGACAUCGGGAACAUCUAAGUGGGUGUUUUGGUUGAUUUCGACUAGUCCUAUAUGUUCAUGAGUCCUUCUAGUCUCCCUCGGCUCAAACCAAUAACAUUUGAAGACUACGACGGUCGGUGGGUUUUCACCAUAGAAUAGAAGUUCAUAAAUUGCUUCAACCCUUCCAUAAUACUCGGUGUCUCCUUCGCCGAUAGCAGAGACAGAACAAUUUGUAGUCUUUAGGUCGGGCAUAGAUAGCUCUUUGCCAAAGGUACGAAAGUGAUACCCGUUGAUGUUGUAUUUGUCAAAUGAACGGACCUUAUAGUCAAAACCAUUAGCGACUUGUCUCAACUCGGCGUCCAUAGACUCUGCAUCAGCCUACAAGUUUAAUACGAAAGAAUGGAUGCAUUAGCCGCAAAUUAGACCAAUAAUUCAAAUGGUUUUGUACACGAACUGCAUCCAGUUUUUGUCGUAGCCCUUCACUUUACGANNNNNNNNNNNNNNNNNNNNNNNNNNNNNNNNNNNNNNNNNNNNNNNNNNNNNNNNNNNNNNNNNNNNNNNNNNNNNNNNNNNNNNNNNNNNNNNNNNNNCAAUUAAAAACUAUGUUUAUUAAAAAUUCUUUUUGCAUAUUUGAGAAUUUAACAAAACUAUGAUAAUGAAAAGUGUUUCAAAUUGAAUAAAUAAUGCAAAACUAUUUUUAUUUUCAUAAUUAAUAAUUUUGACUAUCCAAACUAUUAUCUAUUUUGUUAUUUUGACUUCAUUUGGUAUAUUUCGUGCAUGUACUUAUUUUUUUUGAGCUAGUUGACCCUGAAAUUGAAAAGCACUACAAAUGAACCACUACUGAAAUUCAGAAAUUUGCCGUCUGCCAAGGCGGACGGCAAAGGGGGCAACCAUGGACGGCAAAGGCUUUGCCGUCUGCCCCCUCAUGGCAAAGUAGAUGGUAAAAAAAAUCCGGUGAAGAGGCUCUUUGCCGUCUGCUUUCACAAAGCGGACGGCAAAGAAUCUUUGCCAUGAGGGGGAAGACGGCAAAAUAAGUGGGACGGCAUAUAUUGCAACGUCCCCGUUAAGUGUUAACGGCAGGCCUCCUCUCUUUGCCGUCUGCCUCCCCCCCUUUGCCAUGUGGGGGUAAACGGCAAAGAGGGAGAGAGAGGGGGCAGAUUCUCUCUUUGCCGUCUGCCUCCCCCCCUUUGCCAUGUGGGGGCAGACGGCAAAGAGGGGAGAGAGAGGGGGCAGAUUCCCCCUUUGCCGUCUGCCUCCACCCCUUUGCCAUGUGUUGGCAGACGGCAAAGAGGGGAACCAUCCCCUUUUUUAUUUAUUUUUUGUUAUAUCCAGCAUUUUUAACAAUAAUCAGGAUAUAUAUAUAUAUUUGACAUAAAUAAAUUUCUUUUCGUACCCAUAACCAUAUUAAAAUAACUCUCAUCCAUAGUGCAUACAUAUUAUGGAAGUUACAUUCGUACCAAACCUAAUAUUACACCAGUUUCAUCCACGUGCAUACAAAGUUUCAUAUAUUCAUAUACUACAACAGUUUCAAUACAACCCAUGGUACAAGAAAUCAUCUUCAAGCAUUCCAUCAACCAAGCUUCCCGUGAAGUGAAGGUAAUCUGCAAAAUGACAAAUAAGAAAGUUAGAAAAAUAAUACUAGAUGAAGUAGUGUAUAUAUAGGUUAUUUCGGAGAGAAAUUAGCUAAUUAUAGACCAUUUAGGAGCUAACUAAGCUAAUUAUGUCAUUUAGGUGGAACCCUAGCUAACUAUAGGAGAAGAGAAAGAGAAGAAGAAGUAAAAGAAGAAGGAGGAGGAGGAGAAGGAGAAGGAAGAGGAGAAGAAGAAGAAAAAGGAGGAGGAGGAGGAGGAGGAGAAGGAGAAGGAAGAGGAGAAGAAGAAGAAGGAGAAGAAGGAGAAGAAGAAGGAGAAGAGAGAGAGAGAGAGAGANNNNNNNNNNNNNNNNNNNNNNNNNNNNNNNNNNNNNNNNNNNNNNNNNNNNNNNNNNNNNNNNNNNNNNNNNNNNNNNNNNNNNNNNNNNNNNNNNNNNGGUGCAAGACUUUGAUGAUGCUCGGGAUUCGGAAGAUGAGAUGGAGGAAUCUGCAAAGGCCUUUUAUGAAAUGUUGGAGUCUUCAAAACGUCCUCUCCAUGAGCACACUGAGCUCUGUCAGCUGGAUGCAAUUGCACAAGUAAUGGCUCUGAAGGCUUAGUUCAACUUGGGAAGAGAAUGCUACGACGCGAUGAUGACACUAUUUGGACGUUUCCUACCCAAAGGCCAUGUCAUGCCUGCAAACCUGUACCAGUCGGAAAAAAUAUUUCGUUUACUUAAGAUGCACUAUGAGAAGAUACAUGCAUGUGAGAAAGGAUGUGUCUUAUUUAGGAAGGAGUAUCUACACUUGGACUAUUGUCCCAAUUGCGAGUCUUGCAGGUAUCUUGUGGUAGACAAACGGUAUGGGUGAGAAGAGGCAGACCAAAAUCGCAGUUAGUGUUCUUCGGUAUAUCACAAUCGUACCAAUACUUCAACGUCUUUUCAUGGUCGAAGAGACAGCCAGACAGAUGACAAGGCACAAAUUGGGCAAAAGAACCGAACUAGAUGCGGAUGGGAAUAAGAUGAUGGUACACACAUCGGAUGGGGAAGCGUGGAAACAUUUCGAUGGAUUGCAUCAAGAUAAAGCGACAGAUCCAAGGAAUCCUCGAGUCUGUGCCGCCACGGUCGGUUUUAAUCCCUUCGGCAUGACGACAACCCAAUACAGUUGUUGGCCUGUAUUUGUCAUUCCACUCAAUCUCCCCCCUAGGCAGAUUAUGCAAAGAAAGAUCAUAUUUCUGACGUUGAUAAUUCCAGGGCCCAAUUAUCCGGGGAAGAAUAUGAAUGUGUAUCUGCAACCGCUUAAGGAUGAAUUGGAAGAAGCUUGGGAUAAUGGGGUCAAGACAUACGAUGCCGCUAGAAAAAAAAACUUCAAAAUGCAUGUGUGGUACAUGUUGGGGAACGUCGCAUGGGAAACAAAAAAUUUCCUACGCGCACGAAGACAUAUCAUGGUGAUGUCCAUCUACGAGAGGGCAUAUUCGAUCUACGUACCCUUGUAUGAUUUCCAACAAGUCACUAGCACGCUCAAUUGUUCCGGAGAACGGAGUUUUAGUCAUCUUGCCCAUGAGGCAUGGUUCGCACGUGUCAAGUGAAUCAAAGUCAAGUGACUCCAAAAGUCCAUCGGCAUGGAGUUUCUUCAUGCGCUUUACACCAAUAUGACCUAAGCGGUAGUGCCACAAAAAUAUGGCGCUAUCAUUGUUAACUUUAACUCUUUUGGUCUCAAUGUUAUGUAUGUGUGUAUCACUAUCAAGAUUCAAUAUGAACAAUCCUCUCACAUUGGGUGCAUGACCAUAAAAGAUGUUACUCAUAGAAAUAGAACAACUAUUAUUCUCUGAAUUAAAAGAGUAACCGUCUCGCAAUAAACAAGAUCCAGAUAUAAUGUUCAUGCUCAACGCAGGCACUAAAUAACCAUGAUUCAAGUUCAUAACUAAUCCUGAUGGUAACUGAAGUGAAACUGUGCCGACGGCGAUUGCAUCAAACUUGGAACCAUUUCCUACGCGCAUCGUCACUUCAUCUUUCGCCAGCCUUCGUCUAUUCCGCAGUUCCUGUUUCGAGUUGCAAAUAUGAGCAACAGAACCGGUAUCGAAUACCCAGGCACUACUACGAGUGCCGGUUAAGUACACAUCAAUAACAUGUAUAUCAAAUAUACCUGAUUUUUCUUUGGCCGCCUUCUUAUCAGCCAGAUACUUGGGGCAGUUGCGCUUCUAGUGACCCAUACCCUUGCAAUAGUAACACUCUGUUUCAGGCUUAGGUCCAGCUUUGGGUUUCUUCAUCGGAUUGGCAACAGGCUUGCCGCUCUUCUUUGAAUUACCCGUCUUGCCUUUGCCGUUUCUCUUGAAACUAGUGGUCUUAUUCACCAUCAACACUUGAUGCUCUUUAUGGAGUUCAGACUCUGCGACUUUCAGCAUCGCAAACAACUCGCCGGGUGACUUGUUCAUCCCUUGCAUGUUGUAGUUCAACACAAAGCCUUUAUAGCUUGGCGGCAGUGACUGAAGGAUCCUGUCAGUGAUAGCCUCUUGCGGGAGUUCAAUCCCCAGCUCAGCUAGACGGUUUGAGUACCCAGACAUUUUGAGCACAUGUUCACUGACAGACGAAUUCUCCUCCAUCUUGCAAGCAUAGAAUUUAUCGAAGGUCUCAUACCUCUCGAUCCGGGCGUUCUUCUGAAAGAUAAACUUCAACUCCUGGGACAUCUCAUAUGCUCCAUGACUCUCAAAGCGAUGUUGAAGUCCCGGUUCUAAGCCAUACAAGACUGCACAUUGAACUACUGAGUAGUCCUCCUUACGUGUUAACCAAGCGUUCUUAACAUCCUAGUCAGCCGUAGCGGGUGGUUCAUCUCCUAGUGCAGCAUUAAGGACAUAAUCCUUCUUCCUAGCUUGUAAGAUUAGCUUAAGAUUACGAGCCCAGUCUACAAAGUUGCUUCCAUCAUCUUUCAACUUAGCUUUCUCUAGGAACGUAUUAAAAUUCAGGGUGACUGUCGCGUGAGCCAUGAUCUACAACACAAAUAUAUUCAUAGUGGACUUAGACUAUGUUCAAGACUAUAUUCAAAGUGGACUCAAAAAGUACAUAUCUCUAGUCAUUUGAGUGGUUCAUGAUCCACUUACACUAUCUCAAUACCGAUCAUCACGUGAGUUGAGUAUAGUUUCAGUGGUAAGCAUCCCUAUGCUAAUCAUAUCAUCUAUAUGAUUCAUGAUCGACCUUUCGGUCUCAUGUGUUCCGAGGCCAUGUCUGCAGAUGCUAGGCUCGUCAAGCUUAACCCGAGUGUUCCGCGUGUGCAACUGGUUUGCACCCGUUGUAUGUGAACGUUGAGUCUAUCACACCCGAUCAUCACGUGGUGUCUCGUAAUGACGAACUGUAGCAACGGUGCACAGUCUGGGAGAACACAAUUUCGUCUUGAAAGUUUAGUGAGAGAUCACCUCAUAAUGAUACCGUCGUUCUAAGCAAAAUAAGGUGCAUAAAAGGAUUAACAUCACAUGCAAUUCAUAAGUGACAUGAUAUGGCCAUCAUCACGUGCUCCUUGAUCUCCAUCAGCAAAGCACCGGCACGAUCUUCUUGUCACCGGCGCCACACCAUGAUCUCCAUCAACGUGUCACCAUCAGGGUUGUCGUGCUGCUCAUGCUAUUACUACUAAUGCUACAUCCUAGCAAAAUAGUAAACGCAUCUGCAAGCACAAACGUUAGUUUAAAGACAACCCUAUGGCUCCUGCCGGUUGCCGUACCAUCGACGUGCAAGUCGAUAUUAUCUAUUACAACAUGAUCAUCUCAUACAUCCAAUAUAUCACAUCACAUCGUUGGCCAUAUCACAUCACAAGCAUACCCUGCAAAAACAAGUUAGACGUCCUCUAAUUUUGUUGUUGCAUGUUUUACAUGGUGACCAUGGGUAUCUAGUAGGAUCGCAUCUUACUUACGCAAACACCACAACGGAGAUAUAUGAAUUGCUAUUUAACCUUAUACAAGGACCUCCUCGGUCAAAUCCGAUUCAACUAAAGUUGGAGAAACUGACACUUGCCAGUCAUCUUUGAGUAACGGGGUUACUCGUAGCGAUGAAACCAGUCUCUCGUAAGCGUACGAGUAAUGUCGGUCCAAGCCGCUUCGAUCCAACAAUACCGCGGAAUCAAGAAAAGACUAAGGAGGGCAGCAAAACGCACAUCACCGCCCACAAAAACUUUUGUGUUCUACUCGAGAAGACAUCUACGCAUGAACCUAGCUCAUGAUGCCACUGUUGGGUAACGUCGCAUGGGAAACAAAAAAUUUACUACGCGCACGAAGACCUAUCAUGGUGAUGUCCAUCUACGAGAGGGGAUAUUCGAUCUACGUACCCUUGUAGAUCGCACAGCUGAAGUGUUAGUGAACACGGUUGAUGUAGUGGAACGUCCUCAGGUCCCUCGAUCCGCCCCGCGAACCGCCCCGCGAUCAGUCCCACGAUCUAGUGCCGAACGGACCACCUCCGCGUUCAGCACACGUACAGCUCGACGAUGAUCUCGGCCUUCUUGAUCCAGCAAGAGAGACGGAGAGGUAGAUGAGUUCUCCGGCAGCGUGACGGUGCUCCGGAGGUUUGUGGUGAUCUUAUCUCAGCAGGGCUCCGCCCGAGCUCCGCAGAAACGCGAUCUAGAGGUAAAACCGUGGAGAUAUGUGGUCGGGCUGCCGUGGCAAAGUUGUCUCAAAUCAGCCCUAAAACCUCCGUAUAUAUAGGAGGAAGAGGGGGAGCCUUCCCUUGGGGUCCAAGGACCACCAAGGGGUUCGGCCGAGCCAAGGGGGGGGAGUCCUCCCCUUCCAAACCGAAUCCAACUAGGUUUGGAAGGAGGAGUCCUUCCCCUUUUUCCCACCUCCCUUUUUUUUCUCUUUGAUUUUCUUCCUAUGGCGCAUAGGGACUUCUUUGGCUGUCCCACCAGCCCACUAAGGGCUGGUGCGCCACCCCCAAGGCCUAUGGGCUUCCCCGGGGUGGGUUGCCCCCCCCGGUGAACAUCCGGAACCCAUUCGUCAUUCCCGGUACAUUCCCGGUAACUCCGAAAACCUUCCGGUAAUCAAAUGAGGUCAUCCUAUAUAUCAAUCUUCGUUUCCGGACCAUUCCGGAAACCCUCGUGACGUCCGUGAUCUCAUCCGGGACUCCGAACAACAUUCGGUAACCAACCAUAUAACUCAAAUACGCAUAAAACAACGUCGAACCUUAAGUGUGCAGACCCUGCGGGUUCGAGAACCAAGUAGACAUGAACCGAGUGACUCCUCGGUCAAUAUCCAAUAGCGGGACCUGGAUGCCCAUAUUGGAUCCUACAUAUUCUACGAAGAUCUUAUCGUUUGAACCUCAGUGCCAAGGAUUCAUAUAAUCCCGUAUGUCAUUCCCUUUGUCCUUCGGUAUGUUACUUGCCCGAGAUUCGAUCGUCAGUAUCCGCAUACCUAUUUCAAUCUCGUUUACUGGCAAGUCUCUUUACUCGUUCCGUAAUACAAGAUCCCGCAACUUACACUAAGUCACAUUGCUUGCAAGGCUUGUGUGUGAUGUUGUAUUACCGAGUGGGCCCCGAGAUACCUCUCCGUCACACGGAGUGACAAAUCCCACUCUCGAUCCAUACUAACUCGACGAACACCUUCGGAGAUACCUGUAGAGCAUCUUUAUAGUCACCCAGUUACGUUGCGACAUUUGAUACACACAAAGCAUUCCUCCGGUGUCAGUGAGUUAUAUGAUCUCAUGGUCAUAGGAACAAAUACUUGACACGCAGAAAACAGUAGCACUAAAAUGACACGAUCAAUAUGCUACGUCUAUUAGUUUGGGCUAGUCCAUCACGUGAUUCUCCUAAUGACAUGAUCCAGUUAUCAAGCAACAACGCUUUGUUCAUAAUCAGAAGACCCUGACUAUCUUUGAUCAACUGGCUAGCCAACUAGAGGCUUGCUAGGGACAGUGUUUUGUCUAUGUAUCCACACAUGUAUAUAAGUCUUCAUUCAAUACAAUUAUAGCAUGGAUAAUAAACGAUUAUCUUGAUACAGGAAUUAUAAUAAUAACUAUAUUUAUUAUGGCCUCUAGGGCAUAAUUCCAACAGUACAUGUACUCUAUGCAUGACUUGCCAGCGUAUGCACUAUUCUCUCGAUGGUGUGUGCAUGGAAGGUUCCCGUGCCCCAAAUGCAAGGCAGCUCUUCAGUUUCAUUGGUUGCAGGAGGGUCGGAAGUAUUCUUGCUUUGACUUGCAUAGACAGUUCCUGGAUCCUGACCAUCAGUUCAGAAAAGACAAGAAGAACUUUAAUAAAGGUAAAGUUGUCAAGAACUUGGCACCACCUGCGUUCACAGGCCAACAGAUCUUGGAUGAGUUAAACGCCCUCGAGCCUGAUCCAGAGCGUCCAUGGUAUUUCAAGGGUUAUAAUUCAAAACACGCCUGGACUCACAAGCCAUGCUUCUGGGAUCUGCCUUACUUCAAAGACCUCCUUCUUCCACACAAUAUCGACAUGAUGCACACUGAAAAUAAUAUCGGAGAGGCUAUUUUUGGUACAUUGUUCGACAUAGAUGGGAAGACAAAGGAUAAUAUUAAGGCUAGAGUCGAUCAAGAGACACUAUGUCAUAGACCAUUACAAAACAUGCGAGAAGGCAAAGGAAAGCAGAAGUGGUCGAAGCCAAAGGCCUGGUUCAUUCAUGGAAGGCCAGCUAUGAGGGAAAUUAUCUUGUGGGUCAAAAUGCACUUGAUGUUCCCCGAUGGGUAUGCAGCGAAUCUAAAGAGGGGAGCGAGUCUUGAAAAAUUAAAAAUCUUUGGUCUCAAGAGUCAUGAUUGGCACAUAUGGCUAGAGCGGGUAAUACCGGUGAUGUUAUGUGGCUUUAUUCCCGAGGAUGAAUGGCUAGUACUGGCGGAGCUGAGCUAUUUCUUUCAUGUUCUUUGUGCGAAAGAAUUGUCGCCUGGCGUGGUAGAAGACAUGGAGGAGUUUGCACUGGAGUUGUUGUGCAAGUUAGAGAAGAUCUUUCCACCGGGCUUCUUUAAUCCAAUGCAGCAUUUGAUUUUACAUCUACUGACCGAGGCAAGAUUGGGUGGGCCCGUGCAAGAUCGUUGGUGCUAUGCAACUGAGAGGAUGCAGAAGACCCUUCGAGCUAAAUGUAAGAAUAAGCGUUGAAUUGAAGCAUCGAUGGCUGAGUCAUUCAUUACUGAGGAGGUGGCAAACUUUGUGACAGCACACUACGAAGCCAAAAAUCAUCAUCUGCAUAAUCCGAAGCCUCGGCACAAUGAUGCAGACCAUAAAAAAGGUGGGUCCAACCUCAGCCUAUUCAAAGGGAAGCUCGCACCAGUCGGUGCUUCGAAACCAAUAACGUUGGAUGUCGAAGAAUGGCGGAACAUUUCGUUGUAUAUCUUCAACAACCUACCAGAAGUGCGGCCGUACAUCGAGUGAGUUCUCGACACAUUUUCCCGUAACUUCUAAUUCAUUUGAACUGCUCUUAUUCCCGGAUAUUUCAAACAGCCCUUACAUCGUCAAAUUCUCGGAUGGAGCGGUGAUCGAAAAUGAUUCCGUCGAAGAUUAUGCGCUUCUGUCAAAGACAGGAGGCGGCUAUCCCGGUUUCAUCUCUUGGUUCAAACAAACGGUAAUUAUCAAUAAUGGACCAUUUCAUUCUUGGUCAACCUUGGUUAGCUCAUGAAUAUUAUAUACUUAGCUUGUUUUCCUCUAAAAUGAGAUAAUUAGCCCAUUUAGCUCCAAAAAAACAUAAUUACGUAAUUUAGCUCCAAGAAGAGGAGAAGAAAUAGGAAAAAUAARAAURAAGAAGAAGAAGAAGAAGAGAAGAAGGAGAAGGAGGAGGAGGAGGAGGAGGAGAAGGCCAAGGACCUUCUAGUCCUUCUCCUCCCCCUCCCUUCUCCUCCUUCUUCUUGAUUUCUUCUUCUUCUCCUCCUCCUCCUCUUUCUUCUCCUCUUUCAUAUUAUCCUUGCUUUAAUUAACCCAACAAUGACAUAAUGAGCCCAUUUACCUCGAAAAUACCAUAAUAAGCUCAAAAUGGCAUAAGAACCUUNNNNNNNNNNNNNNNNNNNNNNNNNNNNNNNNNNNNNNNNNNNNNNNNNNNNNNNNNNNNNNNNNNNNNNNNNNNNNNNNNNNNNNNNNNNNNNNNNNNNAGGAGGAGGCGAAGGACGUAGWASGUCCUUSGCCUUCUCCUCCUUCUCUUCCUCCUCCUCCUCCUCCUCCUCCUUCUCCUUCUUCUCUUCUUCUUCUUCUUCUUUGUUUUCAUUUUUCCUAUUUAUUCUCCUCUUAUUGGAGCUAAAUUACCUAAUUAUGUCUUUUUGGAGCUAAAUGGGCUAAUUAUCUCAUUUUAGAGGAAAACAAGCUAAGUAUACAAUAUUCAUGAGCUAACCAAGGUUCUUAUGCCAUUUUGAGAUUAUUAUGGCAUUUUGGAGCUAAAUGGGCUAAUUUUGUCUUUUUGGGGAAAUUAAAGAAAGGAUAAUAUGAAAGAGGAGAAGAAAUAGGAGGAGGAGGAGAAGAAGAAAAAUCAAGAAGAAGGAGGUGAAGGAGAUGGAGGAGAAGGACUAGAAGGUCCUUGGCCUUCUCCUCCUCCUUCUCCUUCUUCUCUUCUUCUUCUUAUUCUUUCUUUUCAUUUUUCCUAUUUCUUCUCCUCUUCUAGGAGCUAAAUUAGCUAACUAUGUCUUCUUGGAGCUAAAUGGGCUAAAUAUCUCAUAUUAGAGGAAAACAAGCUAAGUAUAUAAUAUUCAUGAGCUAACCAAGGUUCUUAUGCCAUUUUGACCUUAUUAUGGCAUUUUGGAGCUAAAUGGGCUAAUUAUGUCUUUUUGGGGAAAUUAAAGCAAGGAUAAUAUGAAAGGGGAGAAGAAAGAGGAGGAGGAGGAGAAGAAGAAGAAAUCAAGAAGAGGGAGGAUAAGAAGGAGAAGGAGGAGGAGGAUAAGGACUAGAAGGUCCUUGGCCUUCUCCUCCUUCUCCUCCUACUCCUCCUCCUUCUCAUUCUUCUCUUCUUCAUCUUCUUCUUUCUUUUCAUUUUUCUUAUUUCUUCUCCUCUUCUCCUCUUCUCCUCUUCUUGGAGCUAAAUUACCUAAUUAUGUCUUUUUGGAGCUAAAUGGGCUAAUUAUCUCAUUUUAUAGGAAAACAAGCUAAGUAUAUAAUAUUCAUGAUCUAACCAAGGUUCUUAUGCCAUUUUGAGGUUAUUAUGGCAUUUUGGAGCUAAAUGAGCUAAUUAUGUCUUUUUGGGGAAAUUAAAGCAAGGAUAAUAUGAAAGAGGAGAAGAAAGAGGAGGAGGAGGAGAAGAAGAAGAAAUCAAGAAGAAGGAGGAGAAAAAGGAGAAGGAGGAGGAGGAUAAGGACUAGAAGGUCCUUGGCCUUCUCCUCCUUCUCCUCCUACUCCUCCUCCUUCUCAUUCUUCUCUUCUUCUUCUUCUUCUUUAUUUUCAUUUUUCCUAUUUCUUCUCCUCUUCUUGGAGCUAAAUUACCUAAUUAUGUCUUUUUGGAGCUAAAUGGGCUAAUUAUCUCAUUUUAGAGGAAAACAAGCUAUGUAUAUAAUAUUCAUGACCUAACCAAUGUUCUUAUGCCAUUUUGAGGUUAUUUUGGCAUUUUGGAGCUAAAUGGGCUAAUUAUGUCUUUUUGGGGAAAUUAAAUCAAGGAUAAUAUGAAAGAGGAGAAGAAAGAGGAGGAGGAGGAGAAGAAGAAGAAGAGAAGGAGGAGAAGGAGGAGAAGGAGGAGGAGGUGAAGGACUAGAAGGUCCUUGGCCUUCUCCUCCUUCUCCUCCUCCUCCUUCUCCUUCUUCUCUUCUUCUUCUUCUUUCUUUUCAUUUUUCCUAUUUCUUCUCCUCUUCUCCUUUUGUUGGUGCUAAAUUACCUAAUUAUGUCUUUUUGGAGCUAAAUGGGCUAAUUAUCCCAUUUUAGAGGAAAACAAGCUAAGUAUAUAAUAUUCAUGAGCUAACCAAGGUUCUKAUGCCAUUUUKAGCUUAUUAUGGCAUUUUGGAGCUAAAUGGGUUAAUUAUGUCAUUGUUGGGGAAAUUAAAGCAAGGAUAAUAUGAAAUAGGAGAGGAAAGAGGAGGAGGAGGAGAAGAAAAAGAAAUCAAGAAGGAGGACAAGGAGGAGGAGAAGGACUAGAAGGUCCUUGGCCUUCUCCUCCUCCUCCUCCUUCUCCUUCCUCUCUUCUUCUUCUUCUUUCUUUCUUUUCAUUUUUCCUAUUUAUUGUUGGAGCUAAAUUACCUAAUUAUGUCUUUUUGGAGCUAAAUGGGUUAAUUAUCCCAUUUUAGAGGAAAACAAGCUAAGUAUAUAAUAUUCAUGAGCUAACCAAGGUUCUUAUGCUAUUUUGAGCUUAUUACGGUAUUUUGGAGCUAAAUGGGCUAAUUAUGUCAUUGUUGGGGAAAUUAAAGCAAGGAUAAUAUGAAAUAGGAGAAGAAAUAGGAGGCGGAGGAGAAGAAGAAGAAAUCAAGAAGGAGGAGAAGGAGGAGAAGGAGGAGGAGGAGAAGGAGUAGAAGGUCCUMGGCCUCUCCUCCUCCUCCUCCUCCUUCUCCUUCUUCUUCUUCUUCUUCUUCUUCUUCUUCUUCUUUCUUUUCAUUUUGCCUAUUUCUUCUCCUCUUCUCCUCUUGUUGGAGCUAAAUUACCUAAUUAUGUCUUUUUUGAGCUAAAUGGGCUAAUUAUCCCACUUUAGAGGAAAACAAGCUAAGUAUAUAAUAUUAAUGAGCUAACCAAGGUUCUUAUGCCAUUUUGAGCUUAUUAUGGUAUUUUGGAGCUAAAUGGACUAAUUAUGUCAUUGUUGGGGAAAUUAAAGCAAGGAUAAUAUGAAAGGGGAGAACAAACAGGAGGAGGAGGAUAAGAAGAAGAAAUCAAGGAGGAGAAGGAGGAGAAGGAGGAGAGAGGAGARGGASUAGAAGGUCCUUGGCCUUCUCCUCCUUCUCCUNNNNNNNNNNNNNNNNNNNNNNNNNNNNNNNNNNNNNNNNNNNNNNNNNNNNNNNNNNNNNNNNNNNNNNNNNNNNNNNNNNNNNNNNNNNNNNNNNNNNGCUCACCGUGGGGGUGGGUCGCCGCGGGGAGGGGAUCCCACGGGGAGGGGGUCGCCGGGGGGGGGUGGGCUCGCCGCGGGGAGGGGAUCUCGCGGGGAGGGGUCGCCGCCGUGGAGAGAGAGAGUGGUCGGGGUGAGAGAGAGAGAGAGACAGUGAGCGAGGGGGGUAACGGCCGUUAUAGGGCGGCCCCUUUGCCGUCCGCCCCCGACGGCAAAGGGCCGUAUGGCAGACGGCAAAGGCCCGCGGACGGCAAAGGCCGCCGGAUUUCGGACACGGCAGGCAUGGGACCCACGCGUCCCCUUUGCCGUCUGCCCUGGGGCUCUUUGCCGUCUGCUGGCAGACGGCAAAGGACCCACACAUGGAAAAUAGUAUUUUUGCCAUGUGUCAGUUCUUUGUCGUCUGUAUUGUGUCAACUGAUGGCAAAGAGGUUCUUUGCCGUCAGCCAGCAGACGGUAAAGAACUGGCUGACGGCAAAUUUCUGGAUUCCAGUAGUGAACUCUGAAAAUGUUGAAAGUUGGCAUGCUAUCAUCAAUUCACCCACAUAGCAUGUGUUAAAAAGUUGAGAGGGAUACGACCAAAACUGGAUGCUGUUCGUGUACAAAACUGACAAUCUCUCUCGAAGUAGCAGGGUUUCGAAAGAGAACUCAUCUCUUACAAAGGGAUUUCAUUUUUUUAAACUUAUUUGAACUCCAUACUUUUUAUCUGUUCAAAAUGCACCAUUCAAAGGCACAUCACAAAAUUCCAACAAUUUCUGACUUCAUUUCGUAUAUUUCGUGCAUUUACUUAAUUUUUUUUGAGCUAGUUGACCCUGAAAUUGAAAAGCACUACAAAUGAACUCUGAAAAUGUUGAAAGUUGGCAUGCUAUCAUCAUUUCACCCACAUAGCAUGUGUUAAAAAGUUGAGAGGGCUAUGACAAAAACUGGAUGCAGUUCGUUUACAAAACUAACAAUCUCUCUCGAAGUAGCAGGGUUUCGAACGAGAACUCAUCUCUUACAAAGGGAUUUCAUUUUUUUAAACUUAUUUAAGAAGUCAUGCUUAAUUAAGAAAAAAGACUUGUCAUUGUGACUUACUGUAUCCACUUCGAAGUCCUCAUCCAGCAUGAUGUUGAAGCGCUUAUCAUCAACUAGGUGAGGCACGUCGCACAAGCCGCGNNNNNNNNNNNNNNNNNNNNNNNNNNNNNNNNNNNNNNNNNNNNNNNNNNNNNNNNNNNNNNNNNNNNNNNNNNNNNNNNNNNNNNNNNNNNNNNNNNNNCUAUCAUCAUUUCACCCACAUAGCAUGUGUUAAAAAGUUGAGAGGGCUAUGACAAAAACUGGAUGCAGUUCGUUUACAAAACUAACAAUCUCUCUCGAAGUAGCAGGGUUUCGAACGAGAACUCAUCUCUUACAAAGGGAUUUCAUUUUUUUAAACUUAUUUGAACUCCAUACUUUUUGUGUGUUCAAAAUGCACCAUUCAAAGGCACAUCACAAAAUUUCAACAAUUUCUGACUUCAUUUGGUAUAUUUCGUGCAUUUACUUUUUUUUUGAGCUAGUUGACCCUGAAAUUGAAAAGCACUACAAAUGAACUCUGAAAAUGUUGAAAGUUGGCAUGCUAUCAUCAUUUCACCCACAUAGCAUGUGUUAAAAAGUUGAGAGGGCUACGAGAAAAACUGGAUGUAGUUCGUGUACAAAACUGACAAUCUCUCUCGAAGUAGCAGGGUUUCGAACGAGAACUCAUCUCUUACAAAGGGAUUUCAUUUUUUAAAACUUAUUUGAACUCCAUACUUUUUGUGUGUUCAAACUGCACCAUUCAAAGGCACAUCACAAAAUUUCAACAAUUUCUGACUUCAUUUGGUAUAUUUCGUGCAUUUACUUAUUUUUUUUGAGCUAGUUGACCCUGAAAUUGAAAAGCACUACAAAUGAACUCUGAAAAAUGUUGAAAGUUGGCAUGCUAUCAUCAUUUAACCCACAUAGCAUGUGUUAGAAAGUUGAGAGGGCUACGACAAAAACUGGAUGCAGUUCGUGUUCAAAACUGACAAUCUCUCUCGAAGUAGCAGGGUUUCGAACGAGAACUCAUCUCUUACAAAAGGAUUUCAUUUUUUUAAAACUUAUUUGAAAUCCAUAAUUUUUGUGUGUUCAAAAUGCACCAUUCAAAGGCACAACAGAAAAUUUCAACAAUUUCUGACUUCAUUUGGUAUAUUUCGUGCAUUUACUUAUUUUUUUGAGCUAGUUGACCCUGAAAUUGAAAAGCACUACAAAUGAACUGUGAAAAUGUUGAAAGUUGGCAUGCUAUCAUCAUUUCACCCACAUAGCAUGUGUUAAAAAGUUGAGAGGGCUACGAAAAAACUGGAUGCAGUUCGUGUACAAAACUGACAAUCUCUCUCGAAGUAGCAGGGUUUCGAAAGAGAACUCAUCUCUUACAAAGGGAUUUCAUUUUUUUUAAACUUAUUUGAACUCCAUACUUUUUAUCUGUUCAAAAUGCACCAUUCAAAGGCACAUCACAAAAUUCCAACAAUUUCUGACUUCAUUUCGUAUAUUUCGUGCAUUUACUUWWUUUUUUUUGAUCGUUAGUUACCGUACCCGUAAGUAAAGUUAAAGGAAAAACGACCUAACCUUAAAACUAAAGUACGUAAACCUUACGNNNNNNNNNNNNNNNNNNNNNNNNNNNNNNNNNNNNNNNNNNNNNNNNNNNNNNNNNNNNNNNNNNNNNNNNNNNNNNNNNNNNNNNNNNNNNNNNNNNNCGUUUACGUUUUUAGUUUUAUUUAUUAUUACUACUAACACUACUACUAUAUAUAUAUAUAUAUAUAUAUAUAUAUAUAUAUAUAUAUAUAUAUAUAUUUGACAUCACAUUUAUAUAAUUCACCAAACAUAUAUGAUAUAUAGUUCACCACACAUAUACUUGCCAACACAUAUAUAUAAUUCACCACACAUAUAUGAUAUACAUAUAAAUCAAUGUACAUCCCCAUAUAUCAAAAGAACCAACAUACAAAGUAAUUGCACUGUUUAUCCAUAUAUAUAUACAUAUAGUUCAACAUUGUUCAUCAACUCAAAUGAAAACUAGAUGAUAUACAUAUAAAGUUCAUCCAUCGACAUUGUUCAACUCCAUGAAUGCCAGCUUUCAUGCAUGUAGUAUAUCCAAUCUGCAAAAAUGUGAAUAAGAAAGUCAGAAAAAGAACAAAAUAUGAUGUUUUGAGGUAAUUAUGUCAUUUCUAGCGGAAAACAAGCUAAGAAUAUAAUAUUCAUGAGCUAACCAAGGUUCUUAUGCCAUUUUUAGCUUAUUAUGGCAUUUUGGAGCUAAAUGGGUUAAUUAUGUCAUUGUUGGGGAAAUUAAAGCAAGGAUAAUAUGAAAUAGGAGAGGAAAGAGGAGGAGGAGGAGAAGAAAAAGAAAUANNNNNNNNNNNNNNNNNNNNNNNNNNNNNNNNNNNNNNNNNNNNNNNNNNNNNNNNNNNNNNNNNNNNNNNNNNNNNNNNNNNNNNNNNNNNNNNNNNNNCAUACUAUAAUCAUUUAACCCACAUAGCAUGUGUUAAAAAGUUGAGAGGGCUACGACAAAAACUGGAUGCAGUUCGUGUACAAAACUGACAAUCUCUCUCGAAGUAGCAGGGUUUCGAACGAGAACUCAUCUCUUACAAAGGGAUUUCAUUUUUUUUAAACUUAUUUGAACUCCAUACUUUUUGUGUGUUCAAAAUGUACCAUUCAAAGGCACAUCACAAAAUUUCAAUAAUUUCUCACUUCAUUUGGUAUAUUUCGUGCAUUUACUUAUUUUUUUGAGCUAGUUGACCCUGAAAUUGAAAAGCACUACAAAUGAACUCUGAAAAUGUUGAAAGUUGGCAUGCUGUCAUCAUUUCACCCACAUAGCAUGUGUUAAAAAGUUGAAAGGGCUAUGACAAAAACUGGAUGCAGUUCAUGUAGAAAACUGACAAUCCCUCUCGAAGUAGCAGGGUUUCGAACGAGAACUCAUCUCUUACAAAGGGAUUUCAUUUUUUUAAACUUAUUUGAACUCCAUGCUUUUUGUGUGUUCAAAAUGCACCAUUCAAAGGCACAUCACAAAAUUUCAACAAUUUCUUACUUCAUUUUGUAUAUUUCGUGCAUUUACUUAUUUUUUUGAGCUAGUUGACCCUGAAAUUGAAAAGCACUACAAAUGAACUGUGAAAAUGUUGAAAGUUGGCAUGCUAUCAUCAUUUCACCCACAUAGCAUGUGUUAAAAAGUUGAGAGGGCUACGACAAAAACUGGAUGCAGUUCGUGUACAAAACUGACAAUCUCUCUCGAAGUAGCAGGGUUUCGAAUGAGAACUCAUCUCUUACAAAGGGAUUUCAUUUUUUUUAAACUUAUUUGAACUCCAUACUUUUUGUGUGUUCAAAAUGGACCAUUCAAAGGCACAUCACAAAAUUGCAACAAUUUCUGACUUCAUUUCGUAUAUUUCGUGCAUUUACUUAUUUUUUUUGAGCUAGUUGACCCUGAAAUUGAAAAGCACUACAAAUGUACUCUAAAAAUGUUGAAAGUUCACAUACUAUAAUCAUUUAACCCACAUAGCAUGUGUUAAAAAGUUGAGAGGGCUACGACAAAAACUGGAUGCAGUUCGUGUACAAAACUGACAAUCUCUCUCGAAGUAGGAGGGUUUCGAACGAGAACUCAUCUCUUACAAAGGGAUUUCAUUUUUUUAAACUUAUUUGAACUCCAUACUUUUUGUGUGUUCAAAAUGCACCAUUCAAAGGCACAUCAACAAAAUUUCAACAAUUUCUGACUUCAUUUGGUAUAUUUCGUGCAUUUACUUUUUUUUUGAGCUAGUUGACCCUGAAAUUGAAAAGCACUACAAAUGAACUCUGAAAAUGUUGAAAGUUGGCAUGCUAUCAUCAUUUCAGCCACAUAGCAUGUGUUAAAAAGUUGAGAGGGCUACGAGAAAAACUUGAUGCAGUUCGUGUACAAAACUGACAAUUUCUCUCGAAGUAGCAGGGUUUCGAACGAGAACUCAUCUCUUACAAAGGGAUUUCAUUUUUUUUAAACUUAUUUGAACUCCAUACUUUUUGUGUGUUAAAAAUGCACCAUUCAAAGGCACAUCAAAAAAUUUCAACAAUUUCUGACUUCAUUUGGUAUAUUUCGUGCAUUUACUUAUUUUUUUUGAGCUAGUUGACCCUGAAAUUGAAAAGCACUACAAAUGAACUCUGAAAAUGUUGAAAGUUGGCAUGCUGUCAUCAUUUCACCCACAUAGCAUGUGUUAAAAAGUUGAAAGGGCUAUGACAAAAACUGGAUGCAGUUCAUGUACAAAACUGACAAUCCCUCUCGAAGUAGCAGGGUUUCGAAUGAGAACUCAUCUCUUACAAAGGGAUUUCAUUUUUUUUAAACUUAUUUGAACUCCAUACUUUUUGUGUGUUCAAAAUGAACCAUUCAAAGGCACAUCACAAAAUUGCAACAAUUUCUGACUUCAUUUCGUAUAUUUCGUGCAUUUACUUAUUUUUUUUGAGCUAGUUGACCCUGAAAUUGAAAAGCACUACAAAUGUACUCUGAAAAUGUUGAAAGUUGGCAUACUAUAAUCAUUUAACCCACAUAGCAUGUGUUAAAAAGUUGAGAGGGCUACGACAAAAACUGGAUGCAGUUCGUGUACAAAACUAACAAUCUCUCUCGAAGUAGCAGGGUUUCGAACGAGAACUCAUCUCUUACAAAGGGAUUUCAUUUUUUUUAAACUUAUUUGAACUCCAUACUUUUUGUGUGUUCAAAAUGCACCAUUCAAAGGCACGUCACAAAAUUUCAAUAAUUUCUCACUUCAUUUGGUAUAUUUCGUGCAUUUACUUAUUUUUUUGAGCUAGUUGACCCUGAAAUUGAAAAGCACUACAAAUGAACUCUGAAAAUGUUGAAAGUUGGCAUGCUAUCAUCAUUUCACCCACAUAGCAUGUGUUAAAAAGUUGAGAGGGCUACAACGAAAACUUGAUGCAGUUCGUUUACAAAAUUAACAAUCUCUCUCGAAGUAGCAGGGUUUCGAACGAGAACUCAUCUCUUACAAAGGGAUUUCAUUUUUUUAAAACUUAUUUGAACUCCAUACUUUUGUGUGUUAAAAAGUGCACCAUUCAAAGGCACAUCAAAAAAUUUCAACAAUUUCUGACUUCAUUUGGUAUAUUUCGUGCAUUUACUUAUUUUUUUUGAGCUAGUUGACCCUGAAAUUGAAAAGCACUACAAAUGAACUCUGAAAAUGUUGAAAGUUGGCAUGCUGUCAUCAUUUCACCCACAUAGCAUGUGUUAAAAAGUUGAAAGGGCUAUGACAAAAAUUGGAUGCAGUUCAUGUACAAAACUGACAAUCCCUCUCGAAGUAGCAGGGUUUCGAACGAGAACUCAUCUCUUACAAAGGGAUUUCAUUUUUUUAAACUUAUUUGAACUCCAUACUUUUUUGUGUGUUCAAAAUGCACCAUUCAAAGGCGCAUCACAAAAUUUCAACAAUUUCUUACUUCAUUUUGUAUAUUUCGUGCAUUUACUUAUUUUUUUGAGCUAGUUGACCCUGAAAUUGAAAAGCACUACAAAUGAACUGUGAAAAUGUUGAAAGUUGGCAUGCUAUCAUCAUUUCACCCACAUAGCAUGUGUUAAAAAGUUGAGAGGGCUACGACAAAAACUGGAUGCAGUUCGUGUACAAAACUGACAAUCUCUCUCGAAGUAGCAGGGUUUCGAAAGAGAACUCAUCUCUUACAAAGGGAUUUCAUUUUUUUAAACUUAUUUGAACUCCAUACUUUUUGUGUGUUCAAAAUGCACCAUUCAAAGGCACAUCACAAAAUUCCAACAAUUUCUGACUUCAUUUCGUAUAUUUCGUAGCAUUUACUUAAUUUUUUUUGAGCUAGUUGACCCUGAAAUUGAAAAGCACUACAAAUGUACUCUGAAAAUGUUGAAAGUUGGCAUACUAUAGUCAUUUAACCCACAUAGCAUGUGUUAAAAAGUUGAGAGGGCUACGAAAAAAACUGGAUGCAGUUCGUGUACAAAACUGACAAUCUCUCUCGAAGUAGCAGGGUUUCGAACGAGAACUCAUCUCUUACAAAGGGAUUUCAUUUUUUUAAAACUUAUUUGAACUCCAUAAUUUUUGUGUGUUCAAAAUGCACCAUUCAAAGGCACAUCACAAAAUUUCAAUAAUUUCUCACUUCAUUUGGUAUAUUUCGUGCAUUUACUUAUUUUUUUUGAGCUAGUUGACCCUGAAAUUGAAAAGCACUACAAAUGAACUCUGAAAAUGUUGAAAGUUGCCAUGCUAUCAUCAUUUCACCCACAUAGCAUGUGUUAAAAAGUUGAGAGGGCUAUGACAAAAACUGGAUGCAGUUCGUUUACAAAACUAACAAUCUCUCUCGAAGUAGCAUGGUUUCGAACGAGAACUCAUCUCUUACAAAGGGAUUUCAUUUUUUUUAUACUUAUUUGAACUCCAUACUUUUUGUGUGUUCAAAAUGCACCAUUCAAAGGCACAUCACAAAAUUUCAACAAUUUCUGACUUCAUUUGGCAUAUUUCGUGCAUUUUAUUUUUUUUUGAGCUAGUUGACCCUGAAAUUGAAAAGCACUACAAAUGAACUCUGAAAAUGUUGAAAGUUGGCAUGCUAUCAUCAUUUCACCCACAUAGCAUGUGUUAUAAAGUUGAGAGGGCUACGAGAAAAACUGGAUGCAGUUCGUGUACAAAACUGACAAUCUCUCUCGAAGUAGCAGGGUUUCGAAAGAGAACUCAUCUCUUACAAAGGGAUUUCAUUUUUUUAAACUUAUUUGAACUCCAUACUUUUUGUGUGUUCAAAAUGCACCAUUCAAAGGCACAUCACAAAAUUGCAACAAUUUCUGACUUCAUUCGGUAUAUUUCGUGCAUUUACUUAAUUUUUUUUUGAGCUAGUUGACCCUGAAAUUGAAAAGCACUACAAAUGUACUCUGAAAAUGUUGAAAGUUGGCAUACUAUAGUCAUUUAACCCACAUAGCAUGUGUUAAAAAGUUGAGAGGGCUACGACAAAAACUGGAUGCAGUUCGUGUACAAAACUGACAAUCUCUCUCGAAGUAGGAGGGUUUCGAACGAGAACUCAUCUCUUACAAAGGGAUUUCAUUUUUUUAAAACUUAUUUGAACUCCAUAAUUUUUGUGUGUUCAAAAUGCACCAUUCAAAGGCACAUCACAAAAUUUCAAUAAUUUCUCACUUCAUUUGGUAUAUUUCGUGCAUUUACUUAUUUUUUUUGAGCUAGUUGACCCUGAAAUUGAAAAGCACUACAAAUGAACUCUGAAAAUGUUGAAAGUUGACAUGCUAUCAUCAUUUCACCCACAUAGCAUGUGUUAAAAAGUUGAGAGGGCUAUGACAAAAACUGGAUGCAGUUCGUUUACAAAACUAACNNNNNNNNNNNNNNNNNNNNNNNNNNNNNNNNNNNNNNNNNNNNNNNNNNNNNNNNNNNNNNNNNNNNNNNNNNNNNNNNNNNNNNNNNNNNNNNNNNNNCGUACGUACGUACGUACGUACGUCGUCGUACUCUCUCUCUCUCUCUCUCUCUCUCUCUCUCUCUCUCUCUNUNUNUCUUCUUCUUCUGUUCUUCUUCUUCUUCUUUCUUUUCAUUUUGCCUAUUUCUUCUCSKCUUCUCCUCWUGUUGGAGCUAAAUUACCUAAUUAUGUCUUUUUUGAGCUAAAUGGGCUAAUUAUCCCAUUUUAGAGGAAAACAAGCUAAGUAUAUAAUAUUAAUGAGCUAACCAAGGUUCUUAUGCCAUUUUGAGCUUAUUAUGGUAUUUUGGAGCUAAAUGGGCUAAUUAUGUCAUUGUUGGGUUAAUUAAAGCAAGGAUAAUAUGAAAGAGGAGAAGAAAGAGGAGGAGGAGGAGAAGAAAAAGAAAUCAGGAAGAAGGAGGAGGAGAGGAGAAGGAGGAGGAGGAGAAGGAUAGAAGGUCCUUGGCCUUCUCCUCCUCCUCCUCCUCCUUCUCCUUCUUCUCUUCUUCUUCUUCUUCUUCUUCUUUCUUUUCUAUUUUGCCUAUUUCUUCUCCUCUUCUCCUCUUGUUGGAGCUAAAUUACCUAAUUAUGUCUUUUUUGAGCUAAAUGGGCUAAUUAUCCCAUUUUAGAGGAAAACAAGCUUAGUAUAUAAUAUUCAUGAGCUAACCAAGGUUCUUAUGCCAUUUUGAGCUUAUUAUGGUAUUUUGGAGCUAAAUGGGCUAAUUAUGUCAUUGUUGGGUUAAUUAAAUCAAGGAUAAUAUGAAAGAGGAGAAGAAAAGAGGAGGAGGAGGAGAAGAAGAAGAAAUACAAGAAGGAGAGAGAGAGAGAGAGAGAGAGAGAGUACGUACGUACGUACGUACSUCYWCSUCGUCGUCUCUCUCUCUCUNNNNNNNNNNNNNNNNNNNNNNNNNNNNNNNNNNNNNNNNNNNNNNNNNNNNNNNNNNNNNNNNNNNNNNNNNNNNNNNNNNNNNNNNNNNNNNNNNNNNUUACAAAAGGAUUUCAUUUUUUUAAAACUUAUUUGAAAUCCAUAAUUUUUGUGUGUUCAAAAUGCACCAUUCAAAGGCACAACAGAAAAUUUCAACAAUUUCUGACUUCAUUUGGUAUAUUUCGUGCAUUUACUUAUUUUUUUGAGCUAGUUGACCCUGAAAUUGAAAAGCACUACAAAUGAACUGUGAAAAUGUUGAAAGUUGGCAUGCUAUCAUCAUUUCACCCACAUAGCAUGUGUUAAAAAGUUGAAAGGGCUACGACAAAAACUGGAUGCAGUUCGUGUACAAAACUGACAAUCUCUCUCGAAGUAGCAGGGUUUCGAAUGAGAACUCAUCUCUUACAAAGGGAUUUCAUUUUUUUAAACUUAUUUGAACUCCAUACUUUUUGUGUGUUCAAAAUGCACCAUUCAAAGGCACAUCACAAAAUUGCAACAAUUUCUGACUUCAUUUCGUAUAUUUCGUGCAUUUACUUAUUUUUUUUGAGCUAGUUGACCCUGAAAUUGAAAAGCACUACAAAUGUACUCUGAAAAUGUUGAAAGUUGGCAUACUAUAAUCAAUUAACCCACAUAGCAUGUGUUAAAAAGUUGAGAGGGCUACGACAAAAACUGGAUGCAGUUCGUGUACAAAACUGACAAUCUCUCUCGAAGUAGGAGGGUUUCGAACGAGAACUCAUCUCUUACAAAGGGAUUUCAUUUUUUUUAAACUUAUUUGAACUCCAUACUUUUUGUGUGUUCAAAAUGCACCAUUCAAAGGCACAUCACAAAAUUUCAACAAUUUCUGACUUCAUUUGGUAUAUUUCGUGCAUUUACUUUUUUUUUGAGCUANNNNNNNNNNNNNNNNNNNNNNNNNNNNNNNNNNNNNNNNNNNNNNNNNNNNNNNNNNNNNNNNNNNNNNNNNNNNNNNNNNNNNNNNNNNNNNNNNNNNUUUUGUACACGAACUGCAUCCAGUUUUUGUCGUAGCCUUCUCAACUUUUUAACACAUGCUAUGUGGGUGAAAUGACGAUAGCAUGCCAACUUUCAACAUUUUCAGAGUUCAUUUGUAGUGCUUUUCAAUUUCAGGGUCAACUAGCUCAAAAAAAAUACGUAAAUGCACGAAAUAUACAAAAUGAAGUAAGAAAUUGUUGAAAUUUUGUGAUGUGCCUUUGAAUGGUGCAUUUUGAACACACAAAAAGUAUGGAGUUCAAAUAAGUUUAAAAAAAUGAAAUCCCUUUGUAAGAGAUGAGUUCUCGUUCGAAACCCAGCUACUUCCAGAGGGAUUGUCAGUUUUGUACAUGAACUGCAUCCAGUUUUUUUCAUAGCCCUCUCAACUUUUUAACACAUGCUAUGUGGGUGAAAUGAUGACAGCAUGCCAACUUUCAACAUUUUCAGAGUUCAUUUGUAGUGCUUUUCAAUUUCAGGGUCAACUAGCUCAAAAAAAAUAAGUAAAUGCACGAAAUAUACCAAAUGAAGUCAGAAAUUGUUGAAAUUUUUUGAUGUGCCUUUGAAUGGUGCUAUUUUUAACACACAAAAAGUAUGGAGUUCAAAUAAGUUUAAAAAAAAUGAAAUCCCUUUGUAAGAGAUGAGUUCUCGUUCGAAACCCUGCUACUUCGAGAGAGAUUGUUAAUUUUGUAAACGAACUGCAUCAAGUUUUYKYWGUAGCCCUCUCAACUUUUUAACACAUGCUAUGUGGGUGAAAUGAUGAUAGCAUGCCAACUUUCAACAUUUUCACAGUUCAUUUGUAGUGCUUUUCAAUUUCAGGGUCAACUAGCUACAAAAAAAUAAGUAAAUGCACGAAAUAUACCAAAUGAAGUCAGAAAUUGUUGAAAAUUUUUGUGUAGUGUCGUUCCGUUUAGAAGUUGGGUCGACUUUAGGUUUACGAAACCACAAAACUAAACUGGAGUUCCGGGACUAGGUUAAAACAAGGACUNNNNNNNNNNNNNNNNNNNNNNNNNNNNNNNNNNNNNNNNNNNNNNNNNNNNNNNNNNNNNNNNNNNNNNNNNNNNNNNNNNNNNNNNNNNNNNNNNNNNGGGCUAAACGGACCAAAAACGUAGGUAGUGACUAGUCGUGUACAAACUGACAAUCUCUCUCGAAGUAGCAGGGUUUCGAAAGAGAACUCAUCUCUUACAAAGGGAUUUCAUUUUUUUAAAACUUAUUUGAACUCCAUAAUUUUUGUGUGUUCAAAAUGCACCAUUCAAAGGCACAUCACAAAAUUUCAAUAAUUUCUCACUUCAUUUGGUAUAUUUCGUGCAUUUACUUAUUUUUUUUUGAGCUAGUUGACCCUGAAAUUGAAAAGCACUACAAAUGAACUCUGAAAAUGUUGAAAGUUUACAUGCUAUCAUCAUUUCACCCACAUAGCAUGUGUUAAAAAGUUGAGAGGGCUAUGACAAAAACUGGAUGCAGUUCGUUUACAAAACUAACAAUCUCUCUCGAAGUAGCAUGGUUUCGAACGAGAACUCAUCUCUUACAAAGGGAUUUCAUUUUUUUAAACUUAUUUGAACUCCAUACUUUUUGUGUGUUAAAAAUGCACCAUUCAAAGGCACAUCACAAAAUUUCAACAAUUUCUGACUUCAUUUGGUAUAUUUCGUGCUAUUUAAUUUUUUUUUGAGCUAGUUGACCCUGAAAUUGAAAAGCACUACAAAUGAACUCUGAAAAUGUUGAAAGUUGGNNNNNNNNNNNNNNNNNNNNNNNNNNNNNNNNNNNNNNNNNNNNNNNNNNNNNNNNNNNNNNNNNNNNNNNNNNNNNNNNNNNNNNNNNNNNNNNNNNNNAUUUUUUUUGAGCUAGUUGACCCUGAAAUUGAAAAGCACUACAAAUGAACUCUGAAAAUGUUGAAAGUUGGCAUGCUAUCAUCAUUUCAGCCACAUAGCAUGUGUUAAAAAGUUGAGAGGGCUACGAGAAAAACUGGAUGCAGUUCGUGUACAAAACUGACAAUCUCUCUCGAAGUAGCAGGGUUUCGAACGAGAACUCAUCUCUUACAAAGGGAUUUCAUUUUUUAAAACUUAUUUGAACUCCAUACUUUUUGUGUGUUCAAACUGCACCAUUCAAAGGCACAUCACAAAAUUUCAACAAUUUCUGACUUCAUUUGGUAUAUUUCGUGCAUUUACUUAUUUUUUUUGAGCUAGUUGACCCUGAAAUUGAAAAGCACUACAAAUGAACUCUAAAAAUGUUGAAAGUUGGCAUGCUAUCAUAAUUUAACCCACAUAGCAUGUGUUAGAAAGUUGAGAGGGCUACGACAAAAGCUGGAUGCAGUUCGUGUACAACACUGACAAUCUCUCUCGAAGUAGCAGGGUUUCGAACGAGAACUCAUCUCUUACAAAGGGAUUUCAUUUUUUUUAAACUUAUUUGAAAUCCAUAAUUUUUGUGUGUUCAAAAUGCACCAUUCAAAGGCACAACACAAAAUUUCAACAAUUUCUGACUUCAUUUGGUAUAUUUCGUGCAUUUACUUAUUUUUUUGAGCUAGUUCACCCUGAAAUUGAAAAGCACUACAAAUGAACUCUGAAAAUGUUGAAAGUUGGCAUGCAAUCAUCAUUUCACCCACAUAGCAUGUGUUAAAAAGUUGAAAGGGCUACGACAAAAACUGGAUGCAGUUCGUGUACAAAACUGACAAUCUCUCUCGAAGUAGCAGGGUUUCGAAAGAGAACUCAUCUCUUACAAAGGGAUUUCAUUUUUUUAAACUUAUUUGAACUCCAUACUUUUUGUGUGUUCAAAAUGGCACCAUUCAAAGGCACAUCACAAAUUGCAACAAUUUCUGACUUCAUUUGGUUANNNNNNNNNNNNNNNNNNNNNNNNNNNNNNNNNNNNNNNNNNNNNNNNNNNNNNNNNNNNNNNNNNNNNNNNNNNNNNNNNNNNNNNNNNNNNNNNNNNNGCUCGACAAAAUCACGGUGAGUGCAUUUCUCUCUCUCUAGGUGUGCAACAAGGAAGAUUGUGGCACAACAAAAAUAAAAGACUCCUACGAUACAAGACGCUCCAAGCAAAACACAUAACAUGUGGUGAAUAAAAUAUAGCCCCCAAGUAACGUUCAUUACUGGAAAUCAGUUUUUUGCCGUGUGCCUAAUCUUUGCUGUCAGCUAGCUGAUGGCAAAGAGUGUCUUUGCCGUCAGCUCUCAGAAAGCAGAUGGCAAAGAACUGGAUGAUGGCAAAGAAGGUCUUUGCCAACAGUCAAUCCUUUGUUGUCUGCCGCAAACGACAAAGAAGGGGACAGGAGACGGCAAAGAAGCUCAUUCGGCCCGGGGAACCUUAGGUCAACCAACGCCCUUCUUUGUCGUCUGCUGGCGGACGGCAAAGAUGCCAGAGGCAGACGUCAAAGAGUAUAGACCCCUUUGCCGUCCGCCAGCAGACGACAAAGGUCCUGAAUCUACUCAAACGGCCGUCCCGCCCCCACCCCGGCCCUCUCUCUCUCUCAAACGGCCACUCUCUCUCUCUCCUCCCCCGACACCCAACGCCGCCACCGUCGCCCGGCCACCCCCGGCGCCCCCGGUUCCCCACAACCCUCCGGCNNNNNNNNNNNNNNNNNNNNNNNNNNNNNNNNNNNNNNNNNNNNNNNNNNNNNNNNNNNNNNNNNNNNNNNNNNNNNNNNNNNNNNNNNNNNNNNNNNNNAGGAGAAGAAGGAGGAGAAGGAGAAGGAGCUCCUCCUUCCCCUUCUUCCUCCUUCUCCUUCUCCUUCUUCUUCUCCUUCUCCUUCUUCUUUUCUUCUUCUUCUCCUCUUCCUUCUUCUCCUCCUCCUCCUCCUCCUCCUCCUCCUCCUUAUUUUACUUCUUCCUCUCUAUCUCUUCUUCUACGUAGCUUAGACUCAUCCAAGAAAGGCUAAAUUAGCCAAUUGUCCUACGAAAUGACAUAAUUAGCUUAGUUAGCUCCAAAAUGUCCUAUUUAAUAAAAAAUGUCCUAUACUUAGCUAAUUAUCCUCGAAAUGACAUAAUUAGCUCCAAAAAGGCAUUCUUAGCCAAUUUAGCUCGAAGAAGGGGACAAGAAGAGAAAAAGAGGAAAAUGAAAGGAAGGAAGAGGAAAAAUGAGGAGAAGAAGGAGGAGAGGGAGGAGGAGAAGAAGAAGGAGAAGAAGGAGGAGAAGGAGAAGGAGCUCCUCCUUCCCCUUCUUCUUCCUCCUUCUUCCUCCUUCUCCUUCUCCUUCUUCUUCUCCUUCUUCUCCUUCUUCUUUUCUUCUUCUUCUCCUCUUCCUUCUUCUNNNNNNNNNNNNNNNNNNNNNNNNNNNNNNNNNNNNNNNNNNNNNNNNNNNNNNNNNNNNNNNNNNNNNNNNNNNNNNNNNNNNNNNNNNNNNNNNNNNNAAAGACAGAAGAAAUAUAUUUAUAUAUAAUUUAGCAUUUAUAUUCAUCGGUUAAUCAGGUUCGCCAUUUUUAUUAUGUCCAGGCAACCUACAUGCUAAUAGGUAAAGAUAGGUCCUAAUCCCACCCGAGUAUGUGUAGAUUGGGUUCGUUUUCCCAUGCUCUGCUCCGGAUCCAAUGCAAAAUUUCGACAACACCUCCCCGCUGUUCUCCUGAUACACGUCUCCGCAAUAAACAGAGAGGAUGUGCAUCCAGAGAACAGCAGGGAGGCACUGAUGAAAUUCCGCAUCGGAUCCAGAGCACAUCAUACGGGAAAACGAACCCAAUCUACACAUGCUCGGGCUAUCCAUGGAUAAAGUUGGACAAUUCGAAAGGAUGGCGGUUAUAAAUAUGCAAAGACAUGCAUAUUUAUAGAUGUCGCCCUUUCGAACGGGAGACGCAUACUGGUCACGCAUACUGAUAAAUUAAUUGAAUUACCUAAAUCUAGAAAGUUUCAUCCGGAAACCGAGCCACAGUAAAUGAAGGGGCGGGGAGGAGAUGAAAUUUGUACUGACCCACGAAUGCAGGGGCGGAGCUCGUACAACGCACGGGCAGGUCUUCGCACAGCAGACCUCACAGCGACGAGACAACUACCACAUGUAAAUCCACCCGAUCAACGCAAAUAUUCCAAUUAUGUCAUUUUAGAGGAAAACAAGCUAAGUAUAUAAUAUUCAUGAGCUAACCNNNNNNNNNNUUGUCUUCGAUCCCGGUACCAUGCUCGUCCGUGCGACGACGGACCACCUCAGCUCUUGUGUGUUGUAUAGACUCACCAUGAAAUGUCCACACCGUAUAAUUAGGCUUAAAAUGAUGAGCUCAAUGUGACUAAGGAGUUAGUCACACGAUGACGUGCUACGGAACGAGUAAAGAGACUUACCGGUAACGAGAUUGAACAAGGUAUAGGUAUACCGACGAUCGAAUCUCGGGCAAGUUCUAUACCGACAGACAAAGGGAAUUGUAUACGGGAUUGAUUGAAUCCUUGACAUCGUGGUUCAUCCGAUGAGAUCAUCGUGGAGCAAGUGGCAGCCACCAUGGGUAUCCAGACCCCGCUGAUGGUUAUUGGCCGGAGAGGUGUCUCGGUCAUGUCUACCUGUCUCCCGAACUCGUAGGGUCUACACACAUAAGGUUCGAUGACGCUAGGGUUAUAGGGAAUUAUUAUACGAGGUUACCAAAAGUUGUUCGGAGUCCCGGAUGAGAUCCCGGACGUCACGAGGAGCUCCGGAGGUAAAGAUUGAUAUAUAGGAUGGAUGGUUUUGCACAUCGGAAAUGUUUCAGGAGUCACCGGUAAUGUACCGGGACCACCGGGACGACCGGAAAUGGUCCCGGGGGUCCACCGGGAGGGGCCACCAGCCCCAAGAGGUAGCAUGGGCCAAAAGAGGGAGGGCAACCAGCCCAAAGUGGGCUGGUGCACCUCCCACAAGGAGGCCCAAGGCGCAGGAGGUGGAGAGGGGGGAACCCUAGGCGCUGGUGGGCCUAAGGCCCACCUAGGGGUGCGCCACCUCUCCCCCUGCCCUGGCCACCGCACCUCCCAUCUGGGGGGGCUGCCGCACCACCUAGGGUGGGAACCCUAGGGGUGGCACCCCCUUCCCCUCCUCCUAUAUAUAGUGGGGGUUUUGGGGCUGUUUGACACACAGUUUCCCAUCUCCCUCGGUGCAGCCCUGCCCCCCUUCCUCCUCCUCUCCCACGGUGCUUGGCGAAGCCCUGCCGGGAGACCUCGUCUCUCCAUCGACACCACGCCGUCGUGCUGCCGGAGAUGUCACCCAACCUCUCCCUCCUCCUUGCUGGAUCAAGGUGCGGGAGACCUCACUGGGCUGCACAUGUGUUGAACGCGGAGGUGUCGUGGUUCAGCACUAGAUCGGAAUCAGACCGCAAUCUGAAUCGCCGCGAGUACGACUCCAUCAACCGCGUUCUAGCAACGCUUCCGCUUAGCGAUCUUCGAAUGAAUGAAGAUGCACUCACUCCUCUCUCGUUGCUGGUCUCUCCAUAGGAAGAUCUGAAUAUGUGUAGGAAUUUUUUUGAAUUUAUGCUACGUUACCCAACAAUAGCGUGGGGUGAAUAUUCGUGUGUGCUUGUUUGCUUUAUCACUAAGUAGAUUUAUUUGCUGUUCUAAGUUGUUCUCUAUCGUUAGUUAUGGAUAUGAAACACGAAAUGCCAAAAAAAUUAGGUGUACUUGCUACUCAUGGAGAUGGGGAACCUCCUAAAACCCUCGAUGCUCGUUGUGUGGAUAAUAUUAUGCAGUUCUUUAAUAAUCCUGAGAAAACCAUAUUAAAUUAUAUAAUGGGCUACACGUUCGAUCAACGUGAAUACUUUAGGUAUUAUCGCUUGACUCAAAAAGGGAAACUAUUAUGUGAUCAAAUUCAUAUGCUGAAAUGGUAUGCUUGGGAGCUAUGCUCGAGAUAUGAUAUUACUUGUUGCUCUACGAUGAAGGCUCAACACCUUCCCUUUUCUUAUAAAUUUAAUGCUAAUGAAACCUUGGCUUCUUAUGCUAAUGGUAUAUAUGAUUACUAUGAUGUGGAGCAAAUAGAAGAGUUUCUUUCUUUUAUGGGUGCUUAUGAAAUUGAAGCUCUGUUUAAAAGGUGUGAUGAUAAUGAUGAUCCUGCUUACCGAUCUGAAAAUUUGGUUAUGCUUCGUUAUUGUUAUACUCAUUAUGAAUACUGGUCGUCAACCCGUGCAUUUGCACGGGCUAGAUUAAUAACCUACAAUGGGAUGAAACUUCUGAGACUAUCUUUCAUUCAUUGGGGGUAAAGACAUAUCCUAAAUUUCUAUUGGAAAAAUUAUUCAAGUGUCAUCAUAGUUCAAAUUUAAUGCUUCAAAUAAUAGAAUGUCAAAGGACGCAUAUACUCAAAUAUUCUCUAUCCACAUAAAAAUUAAAUGAUUUAAUCUCCUCUAAUCUUGGUACAUAAUUCCUUCAACACAUUGGAUUUUUUUUCUUUUUGAAUUGUUCAUUCACUUGACAUCUAUUACCAUCAGUCUCUAGAGUAAUUUAGAAGUUUACUUUAGAUAUAUGAUGAAAGAGCCUCACAGAAUAAACAACAAAAAAAAUUAGGUCUUUUUAAAGAGAUGACGAAUACAGACACACAUGAGAGAACAUUUUCUAUUACUUUUGUUCUUGUUCCAUAAUUUUAUCAUAAAAGAACAAAAUCCUAGUCUCCAACUGAUAUAAUCAUGCAUUGAAAAAAUAGUCAUUGGGUUGAGCAUCUGUUAGAUGUUUCGAUGGUUGCUCUUUUGUGCAUCCCCUUGGCUUCCAUCAUAUCCUAACGUACUGAUCUAAACAUAUUCAAUUUUAUUAUAUUAGUAAUUUCCUAAAAAUAAUAAAAUACUAAUAAUACGUUAACAUAUAUGGGCUGUUUGAAUGGCAGCUGAUGCCCACCUUACCAAAAUACGGGGUUGACCACCAGCGUGGGUGUCUUUUGGUUGUCAACUAAAUUUUUUAACCUACGCCAAAAGAAUUGUCGCUACUUCAUUUCCUGCACCAAUGGGCUGUUCGUAGCGGCGAAUUUUAUGGCCAGUUUUUCGGCUCAGGCGCGAUUCGGCGUGGCUGGCCUAGGCACCAUCAAAAUGACCGGCCUAUAGACAAAAGUAAACUGUCUGUCUCUAUUUUUAAUUCACAUGAACUUUGACUAAUAUGGUAUAUACAAAAUAUUAUUUGAAUGCAUAUUUUAUUUAGCUAAAUACUGAUACAAUGUUUUAUUUAAUAAAACACUGAUAAAAUAUCGUAUUUACCGAGAUACUCCUUUAAUAUUUAACUAAAAUUGUAUUUAUCAAACCGAACAAACUGACACACAUGCCUCAUUAUCCAUUAUCUACCGUGAGUAGGUGGUUCCUACAAACUAACAUGCAUAUUAUUCCUACAUAUUACUUUGCCGAGUUGUCAUUUUCAAAACUCAACAAUUGCUAUUUAAAUGUUUGUCGAGUACCUGAUAAUAUGAACUUCGCAAAGUUGAUGGUUGUUGACCUCCGUCUAGCCGAGUGAUGUUUGCCGAGAACAGAAAUCGACAAACACAAUGCAUAGUUGUUUCUAGCUAGGACUUGCUAAGUGUGUUGGAAACUCACCGAAUUCGGCGAUUCCGGUCGUGAAAUGGCAUUAACAAAAAACCUUAUCACCAUCACGUCCCAAAAAUGAACUGUGUAAAAAUAAGUAGCUAUAUUUUUUAAUGAAGAUUGUUCUUAUAUACGUGUUUAGUUUUCUUGAUUGUAUGUAAUAUCGACCUUUAUACCAUGCAUGCAUGGUACACUUGAAUUCGGUUUCAUUUAGUCGGUGUAAGCUUUAUUCAUACAUGUACAUAGGUUUGGUCUACUUUGCAAUUAUCUGAUUAUGCCGCAAAAUCUCGAACAAAACAUGUUUAACAUAUUUGUCCUCUCAAAACCAAACAUGCGUUUAUCGUAUUUUUAAGAAAUAUUAAUUUACAAAAGGUAUAGUUCAUGGACUAAUGUCACAUGUAAUUUUUACUCAUUAACAAUGAAAAUUGAGUAUCCUAGCAACCAGAAAAGCAGUUUGAGCGAAGUAGUCAACUGUAACCUCUAAUGCAUUAGGCAAUGUAAAGUCUUGGCAGUCCUGGUGAGAUAUAUAAUUCAUGCAUCGGCCUAUUUCGCAAGGCGGGGUUGCCAUAGUUCCGCUGUAAUUCACUCUUGUUCAUCCAGAAAAGGUUAAUUAGAAUACCUUCAGUGUCACAAUCUGAUGCCUUUUGUCGAUAAGAUAAAAAAAUGUGUAGAUGCAAAGUGUAUUACAUGGAACACGAACAUUUUUUUCUUGCGUAUAAUAACCUGUGCCAAACAAUGUGCUACCCUGGAAAACAAUUGAUUGAUCCUCCUUCACAGAAAUUACAUAGAACAUAGAGAACAUACCUUAUUAAAAUUGAAUCCCUGUAGAAAAUAUAAUAUGUUUGGAACCUGAAAAAAAGUCGAGUCAGGUGAAAUUCUUAUAACACCCAUGAAAUCAGGCCCAAUAUCGAAUGCGAUAACAAAAUGCACAUAUAGGAUAAGCCGUCAAAAGCACAGUCCGAGUAUAAGAGGUCAUAAAAACAAACUGGAUUAAAAUGUAUAUUUUUUACUCUGCAUGCCCCAAACAGACAAUGAUCUAAUCAACCGAAUUGUAUAUUUUACUACAUGUCAGAGAUUAAGAAAAAGGGAGAGGGUCAAGGGAUAUUGGUGGUAUAAAAUAUGAGAAACUGAGACAAAAAGACAGCUGAUAUGUGCACUAAAAAUGUGAAACUUGUUUAAUUGAGUGAAUCUCCAUGCCCCCAAACAGGUAAAUAUCAUAGAGAGAUACAUGUUAAAAAUUCAUUACAAUUAAAUACACCAAAAAAUAUAUUAUACUACCCCAGAUCAAAACCAAACCAUUUGCUUAAUGGUUAGCUUAUCACCUCGUCAUUGGCUGCGAUGGUGCCACGGCCAAGAAGAGCUUACCAUAUGUACCCCGGCUAGAUAGGUUAGACAAUGCUAGAUUUCACACGCUGCAUGGAGAGAGAAGCAUUGUAUUAACCCAAUCCAAUGGCUGGCAGGGCGAUGUUUGAUAUAUUAUCCAGUGCAUAGUGAAAGGUCCUGCACUGGACCUCAUCACCCAAUUUUAUAUAGCGCGUGGAGGCAGCCAAUUAUAUAAUCAGCUCAUGAUGUUCAUCAUGUACAUGCAAAUCUCGCUUUCCUAUUUGCCGGUGGAUAUAACUUGCCGCGAUCUCUUCGUCAGCUGCAACACACACAGAGAGAGGGACAUGCUGAUGCCUAAUUGCAUCAGAAGGAAGAUACCAAGGCCAACGUGCCAUGGUGCAGAUAGAUUUAGAUGUGAUUUGCGGCUGGAUCUAACACGCCGUCGAUGAAAGGAAAGACAUGUUACUCUAACAUGCCUAUAUGCCCUUCCACCUAUGAUUGGCACCAGAUCGCCAUGAAAGAGGCGAUGAAGGCUUAGACCAACAACUCUUCGUUAGGGAUUAACUAAAGGCGAUUUCUUGAGAUAACGAUCUUGUUGGUAGGAAAAUAGAUGACGGCUUUUUUUUUGUUUUGGAAGAGGUCAAUCUGGUAGUCCUUCCACGGCAAGAGUCUAAUGGAAAUAAUUUAUGGUUUUAGAUUUUAUCUAUGAAUAAUUGAGGCUUACUUAACGUGGAGACUUGAGAAUGUCUUUGUUACGUGUAGGCUGGGUCAGGUUGGUAGUUUUUCCCACGGCAAUACUCUAGAGGCCGACCAGUUUUUUUAGUUAUUUUACUGCAAGAGCAAAAGAAAUAAUAUAUAUGUUUUUGCCUGGGACUAAUUAACAUGCGCGAUUGAAAAUAUCAGUUACGUGUAGGCUGGGUCAGUCAGGUAGGCUACUUUUUUCUACCGCAGUAGUAACAUAAAAUUAAAUGGUCUAGAAAAAUACUGACUUAGGAUGUUAUGAUUGGAUCUGCACCGUAAUAAUUCGGUCCCACAAGAUGAACGGCUCGUAAAAUCUAAUUAACGUGAGAAUUUUUAAGGAGUCUCUAAUUAGUAUAAGUAUAGAUAAUGCCCAUAUUUAUCGAUUUAUGGAGAAAUUCUACGAUGCCCAAGAAGAGACUAAUAUUUUGCAGGAAACUAUGGAAGAAGAAAAUGCUGAUACUGUGAGCUCAUUAGAUGAAAAAGAUGACGAGGAGAGCGAAGAACAAAAGGAGGAAGAGCGGACUAGCUACCCGUGCCCACCUUCUAAUAAGAAUAACUCUUCAACUCAUACAUUGUUUAAUUUCCCUUCGAAGGAUGAAUGCUAUGUUUAUUGCUAUGAUCCCUUGGAUUUGUUUGAAAUAUCCCUUUUUGAUGAACUUGAUGCUAGCUAUGAUUAUGGCCAUGAUGCCAAUAUGAAUGAUGCUUAUGAAGAUGAACUUGCUAUAGUUCCUUAUGUUAAACAUGAAAUUGUUGCUAUCGCACCCACUUAUGAUAGUCCUAUUAUCUUUUUGAACUCUCCCAACUACACUAUAUCGGAGAAGUUUGCUCUUAUUAGGGAUUACAUAGAUGGGUUGCCUUCUACUAUUACACAUGAUGAUUUUUAUGAAUAUAAUAUGGAUAUGCUUGCUGCUCCUACUUGCAAUUAUUAUGACAGAGGAACUACAUCUCCACCUCUCUAUGUUUCCAAAACAAUAAAUAGCAAGAAACUGCUUAUGCUAUGUAUUGGCCUUUACUUGAUGUGCAUGAAUUGUUCUUUUAUGACAUGCCAAUGCAUAGGAAGAGAGUCAGACUUCGUCAUUGCAUGAUAUAUGUUACCUUCUGCUCACUACUAAAUUACAAAUCAUUGUCAAUUGAAAUUGGCUUUGAUAUACCUUGGGAUCCGGGUGGAUCCAUUACUUGAGCACUUUAUGCCUAGCUUAAUGGCUUUAAAGAAAGCGCUGCCUGGGAGACAACCCGGAAGUUUUAGAGAGUCAUUUAUUUCUGUUGAGUGCUUUUAUAUAGUUUAAAAACAAAAAAAAUAUAGAGGGGAACUUAAAACUUUUUCAAAAAGAGAAGCGAUUGAAAGGUGAUGCAUUGUGGAAGUGAGGGUCGACCUUGAACACUUGUGUUCAUGCUCAUGGAAACAAUGUAGAAUUCUUCAUGGAAGUUUCUCGCACAAAUAAUUAUGCCUUUGUAAAUUUCCAUUGUAUUAUAAAAAUAAUGUGCCAAGUAAAGCCUUUAUGAUUAGUUUGGGUGAUAGUUGUUUGAUCAUGCUGAAAAAGACAGAAACUUUGUGCUCACAAAAUUAUUUUUAAUACCUAUCCACAAAGAGAUUUUGAGUUGAUUCUUUUUGCUGUUGAUUGAUAUGAAAAUUGCCCUAAUUUUCAUAAUUUUUCAGAAUUUUUGGAGUAUCAUAAGUAUGGCAUACGUUCAGAUUACUACAGACUGUUCUGUUUUUGACAGAUUCUGUUUUCUAUGCAUUGCUCUCUUAUUUUGAUGAAUCUAUGGGUAGUAUCGGGGGGUAUGAACCAUGGUGAAGUUGGAUUACAGUAGAUAUAAUUCUAAUAUGAAUUUGAAAUGAGUACACAACAGUACUUAAAGUGGUGAUUUACUUUAUUAUACUAACGGAUCUCACGAAGGUUUUGUUGAGUUUUGUGUGAUUGAAGUUUUCAAGUUUUGGGUGACACCACGAUGGAUGAAGGAAUAAGGAGAGGCAAGAGCCUAAGCUUGGGGAUGCCCGAGCAUCUAAGCUUGGGGAUGCCCCGGAAGGAAUCCCCUCUUUCGUCUACAAUCUAUCGGUAAUUUUACUCGGAGCUAUAUUUUUAUUCGUCACAUGAUAUGUGCAAAUGCUUGGAGCGUCUUUUGUGUUUAUUUUUCCUUUUUCUUUUAUGCACCAUGCUGGUAUGAGAUAGUCCUUGGUUGAUUUAUAGAAUGCUCUUUGCACUUCACUUAUAUCUUUCGAGUAUGGAUUUAUAGAAUGCUUAUGUGCUUCACUUAUAUCAUUUGAAGUUUGGAUUGCCUGUUUCCCUACACAUAGAAAACCGCCAUUUGUAGAAUGCUCUUUUGCUUCACUUAUAUUUUUUAGAGCGGGGCCUAUAUUUUGUAGAAAGAAUUAAAAUCUCAUGCUUCACUUAUACCUAUUUAGAGAGUUAACAGGAGUUGGUCAUUCACAUGGUUAGUCAUAAAAUCCUACAUAAACUUGUAGAUCACUGAAUAUGAUAUGUUUGAUUCCUUGCAAUAGUUUUGCGACAUGAAGAUGUGAUAUUAGAGUGAUGCUAGUGAAUAAUUGUGUAUUCAUAGAAAUACUUGUGUUAAGGUUUGUGAUUCCUGUAGCAUGCAGGUAUGGUGAACCGUUAUGUGACGAGGUCGGAGCAUGAUUUAUUUAUUGAUUGUCAUCCUUUGUGUGGAGGUCGGGACCGCGCGAUGGUUAACUCCUACCAACCCUUCCCCUAGGAGCAUGCGUGUAGUACCUUGUUUCGAUGACUAAUAGACUUUUGCAAUAAGUAUGUGAGUUCUUUAUGACUAAUGUUGAGUUCAUGGAUUAUACGCAAUCUCACCCUUCCACCAUUGCUAGCCUCUCUAGUACCGCGCAACUUUCGCCGGUGCAUUACACCCACCAUAUACCCUUCCUCAAAACAGCCACCAUACCUACCUAUUAUGGCAUUUCCAUAGCCAUUCUUAGAUAUAUUUCCAUGCAACUUCCAUCGUUCCAUUUAUUAUGACACGCACCAUCAUUGUCAUAUUGCUUUGCAUGAUCGUAAGAUAGCUAGCAUGAUGUUUUCAUGGCUUGUCCGUUUUUUGAUGUCAUUGCUACGCUAGAUCAUUGCACAUCCCGGUACACCGCCGGAGGCAUUCAUAUAGAGUCAUAUUUUGUUCUAAAUAUCGAGUUGUAAGUAAAUAAAAGUGUGAUGAUCAUCAUUAUUAGAGCAUUGUCCCAUGUGAGGAAGUAAAAAGAGGCCAAAGAAGCCCACCAAAAAAAAGAGAAAAAAAAUAAAAAAAUGAGAGAAAAGAGAGAAGGGACAAUGCUACUAUCCUUUACCACACUUGUGCUUCAAAGUAGCACCAUGAUCUUCAUGAUAGAGAUUCUCCUAUGUUGUCACUUUCAAAUACUAGUGAGAAAUUUUCAUUAUAGUACUUGGCUUGUAUAUUCCAAUGAUGGGCUUCCUAAAAUUGCCCUAGGUCUUCGUGAGCAAGCGAGUUGGAUGCACACCCACUAGUUUCAUUUUGAACUUUCAUACACUUCUAGCUCUUGUGCAUCUGUUGCAUGGCAAUCCCUACUCACUCACAUUGAUAUCUAUUGAUGGGCAUCUCCAUAGCCCGUUGAUAUGCCUAGUUGAUGUGAGACUAUCUCCUCCUUUUUGUCUUCCCCACAGCCACCAUAUUCUAUUCCAACUACAAUGCUAUGUCCAUGGCUCACGCUCAUGUAUUGCGUGAAAGUUGAAAAAGGUUUGAGAACACUAAAGUAUGAAACAAUUGCUUGGCUAAAACCGGGGUUGUGCAUGAUUUAAAUACGUUGUGUGGGGAAGAUGGAGCAUAACCAGACUUUAUGAUUUUGUAGGGAUAACUUUCUUUGACCACGAUAUUUUGAGAAGACAUGAUUCCUUUGUUAGUAUGCUUGAAAUAUUAUUAUCUUUAUGUCAAAUGGUAGGCUAUUGCUUCGAAUCACUCGUGUUUUAGUAUUCAUGCCAUGAUUAGAUUAUAUAAUCAACAUUAUGCUAGGUAGCAUUCCACAUCAAAAAUUAUCUUUUUUAUCAUUUACCUACUCUGUUGGGGAACGUCGCAUGGGAAACAAAAAUUUUCCUACGCGCACGAAGACCUAUCAUGGUGAUGUCCAUCUACGAGAGGGGAUGAGUGAUCUACGAACCCUUGUAGAUCGUAUAGCAGAAGCGUUAGUGAACGCGGUUGAUGUAGUGGAACGUCCUCACGUCCCUCGAUCCGCCCCGCGAACAAUCCCGCGAUCAGUCCCACGAUCUAGUACCGAACGGACGACACCUCCGCGUUCAGCACACGUACAGCUCGACGAUGAUCUCGGCCUUCUUGAUCCAGCAAGAGAGACGGAGAGGUAGAUGAGUUCUCCGGCAGCGUGACGGUGCUCCGGAGGUUUGUGGUGAUCUUAUCUCAGCAGGGCUCCGCCCGAGCUCCGCAGAAACGCGAUCUAGAGGUAAAACCGUGGAGAUAUGUGGUCGGGCUGCCGUGGCAAAGUUGUCUCAAAUCAGCCCUAAAACCUCCGUAUAUAUAGGAGGAAGAGGGGGAGCCUUCCCUUGGGGUCCAAGGACCACCAAGGGGUUCGGCCGAGCCAAGGGGGGGGAGUCCUCCCCUUCCAAACCGAAUCCAACUAGGUUUGGAAGGAGGAGUCCUUCCCCUUUUUCCCACCUCCCUUUUUUUUCUCUUUGAUUUUCUUCCUAUGGCGCAUAGGGACUUCUUUGGCUGUCCCACCAGCCCACUAAGGGCUGGUGCGCCACCCCCAAGGCCUAUGGGCUUCCCCGGGGUGGGUUGCCCCCCCCGGUGAACAUCCGGAACCCAUUCGUCAUUCCCGGUACAUUCCCGGUAACUCCGAAAACCUUCCGGUAAUCAAAUGAGGUCAUCCUAUAUAUCAAUCUUUGUUUCCGGACUAUUCCGGAAACCCUCGUGACGUCCGUGAUCUCAUCUGGGACUCCGGACAACAUUCGGUAACCAACCAUAUAACUCAAAUACGCAUAAAAUAACGUCGAAUCUUAAGUGUGCAGACCCUGCGGGUUCGAGAACUAUGUAGACAUGACCCGAGAGACUCCUCGGUCAAUAUCCAAUAGCGGGACCUGGAUGCCCAUAUUGGANNNNNNNNNNCGUUUCCGGACCAUUCCGGAAACCCUCGUGACGUCCGUGAUCUCAUCCGGGACUCCGAACAACAUUCGGUAACCAACCAUAUAACUCAAAUACGCAUAAAACAACGUCGAACCUUAAGUGUGCAGACCCUGCGGGUUCGAGAACCAAGUAGACAUGAACCGAGUGACUCCUCGGUCAAUAUCCAAUAGCGGGACCUGGAUGCCCAUAUUGGAUCCUACAUAUUCUACGAAGAUCUUAUCGUUUGAACCUUAGUGCCAAGGAUUCAUAUAAUCCCGUAUGUCAUUCCCUUUGUCCUUCGGUAUGUUACUUGCCCGAGAUUCGAUCGUCAGUAUCCGCAUACCUAUUUCAAUCUCGUUUACUGGCAAGUCUCUUUACUCGUUCCGUAAUACAAGAUCNNNNNNNNNNCGUCAUUCCCUUUGUCCUUCGGUAUGUUACUUGCCCGAGAUUCGAUCAUCAGUAUCCGUAUACCUAUUUCAAUCUCAUUUACCGGUAAGUCUCUUUACUCGUUCCGUAAUACAAGAUCCCGCAACUUACACUAAGUUACAUUGCUUGCAAGGCUUGUGUGUGAUGUUGUAUUACCGAGUGGGCCCCGAGAUACCUCUCCGUCACACGGAGUGACAAAUCCCAGUCUUGAUCCAUACUAACUCAACUAACAACUUCGGAGAUACCUGUAGAGCAUCUUUAUAGUCACCCAGUUAUGUUGCGACGUUUGAUACACACAAAGCAUUCCUCCGGUGUCAGUGAGUUAUAUGAUCUCAUGGUCAUAGGAAUAAAUACUUGACACGCAGAAAACAGUAGCAACAAAAAUGACACGAUCAACAUGCUACAUCUAUUAGUUUGGGUCUAGUCCAUCACGUGAUUCUCCUAAUGACGUGAUCCAGUUAUCAAGCAACAACACCUUGUUCAUAAUCUGAAGACACUGACUAUCUUUGAUCAACUGGCUAGCCAACUAGAGGCUUGCUAGGGANNNNNNNNNNGGUGUUUUGUCUAUGUAUGCACACAUGUAGAUGAGUCUUCAUUCAAUACAAUUAUAGCAUGGACAAUAAACGAUUAUCUUGAUACAGGAAUUAUAAUAAUAACUAUAUUUAUUAUUGCCUCUAGGGCAUAAUUCCAACAUACUCGAGGACGAGCAGAAAUUAAGCUUGGGGAUGCUGAUACGUCUCCGUCGUAUCUAUAAUUUUUGAUUGUUUCAUGCCAAUAUUCUACAACUUACAUAUACUUUUGGCAACUUUUUAUACUAUUUUUGGGACUAAAAUAUUGAUCCAGUUCCCAGUGCCAGUUCCUGUUUGUUGCAUGUUUUUUGUUUCGUAUAAUAUCCAUACCAAACGAAGUCCAAACACAAUAAAAAACCUAUGGUGAUUUUUUAUGGAAUAUUUAUGAUUUUUGGGAAGAAGAAUCAACGCAAAACGAUGCCCGAGGGGGUCACAAGCCUAGGAGGUGCCCCCUAGGGCACGGCAGGCAGGCUUGUGACCAAUCCCUAAGGCGGUUGGGGCCCUUCUUUCGCCGCAAGAAAGCUAAUAUCCGGAAGAAAAUCGUGUUAAAAUCAGCCCACUUGGAGUUAUGGAUCUCCGGGAAUUUUAAGAAACGGUGAAAGGCAGAAUCUGGGAGCGCACAAACAGAAGGACACACAGAGAGAGAUCCAAUCUCGGAGGGGCUCUCGCCCCUCCGCCGCCAUGGAGACCAUGGACCAGAGGGGAAACCCUUCUCCCAUCUAGGGAGGAGGUCAAGGAAGAAGAAGAAGAAGGGGGGCUCCCUCCCCCUCUCUCCCGGCGGUGCCGGAACGCCGCCCGGGACAUCAUCGUGUGACAGCGAUCUACACCAACACGUCCGUCAUCUUCACCAACACCUCCUUCUCCUUCCCCCAUCUAUAUUCAGCGGUCCACUCUCCCGCAACCCGCUGUACCCUCUACUUGAACAUGGUGCUUUGUGCUUCAUAUUAUUAUCCGAUGAUGUGUUGCCAUCCUAUGAUGUCUGAGUAGAUUUUUGUUGUCCUAUCGGUUAUUGAUGAAUUGGUGUGAUUGGUUUGAUUUGCUUGUGGUUAUGUUGCUGUCCUUUGGUGCCCAUCAUAUGAGCGCGCGCGUGGAUCACACGAUAGGGUUAGUAUUAUGUUGAUAGGACUAUGUAUUGGAGGGGAAGGGUGAUAGAAGCUUCAGCCUAGCAUAGAAACUGAUGCAUGCGGGAUUGAAGGGGGCCCAAUAUAUCUUAUUGCUAUGGUUGGGUUUUAACUUAUUGAACGUUAGUAGUUGCGGAUGCUUGCUAAUAGAUCCAAUCAUAAGUGCAUAGAAUUUCAAGUAAGGGAUGACAUGCUAGCAGUGGCCUCUCCCACAUAAAACUUGNNNNNNNNNNNNNNNNNNNNNNNNNNNNNNNNNNNNNNNNNNNNNNNNNNNNNNNNNNNNNNNNNNNNNNNNNNNNNNNNNNNNNNNNNNNNNNNNNNNNGAGGUGGCAAACUUUGUGACAGCACACUACGAAGCCAAAAAUCAUCAUUUGCAUAAUCCGAAGCCUCGGCACAAUGAUGGAGACCCUAAAAAAGGUGGGUCCAACGUCAGCCUAUUCAAAGGGAAGCUCGCACUAGCCGGUGCUUCGAAACCAAUAACGUUGGAUAUCAAAGAAUGGCGGAACAUGUCGUUGUAUAUCUUCAACAACCUAACAGGAGUGCGGCCGUACAUCGAGUGAGUUCUCGACACAUUUUCCCGUAACUUCUAAUUCAUUUGAACGGUUCUUAUUCCCGGAUAUUUCAAACAGCCGUUACGUCGUCAAAUUCUCGGAUGGAGCGGUGAUCGAAAAUGAUUCCGUGGAAGAAUAUGAGCUUCUGACUAAGACAGGAGGCGGCUAUCCCGGUUUCAUCUCUUGGUUCAAACAAACGGUAAUUAUCAAUAAUGGACCAUUUCAUUCUUGGUCUAACUUGCGGCUAAUGCAACAACCUUUUCGUAUUAAACUUGUAGGCUAAUUCAGAGUCUAUGGACGCCGAAUUGAGACAAGUCGCUAAUGGUUUUCACUAUAAGGUCCGUUCAUUUGAGAAAUACAACAUCAACGGGUAUCUCUUUCGUACCUUUGGCAAAGAGCUAUCUAUGCCCGACUGGAAAUCUACAAAUUGUGGUGUCUCUGCUAUCGGCGAAGGUGUUAUCGAGUACUAUGGAAGAGUUGAAGCAAUUUAUGAACUUCAAUUCUAUGGUGAGAACCCACCGAACGUCGUAGGCUUCAAAUGUUAUUGGUUCCGGCCGAAAAAGACUAGAAGGAGUCAUGAACAUAUAGGACUAGUCGAAAUCAAUCCAAACACCCAUUUAGAUAUUCCCGAUGUCUAUAUUACGGCUCAACAGGCGACCCAAGUUUUCUAUAUACCGUGGGCAUGCCAAACGGAUAAGAAUAUGGAAGGUUGGUAUGUUGUUUAUGAAGUGCCGCCACAUGUCAGACCACCUCUCCCAAAUGAACAGGAUUAUGAACCUCACAUUAACCCAGACACAUAUGAUGGAGAAUUCUUCCAAGAAACACGUCUUUCCAAGAAACGUUUCAAGAACCGUCGUGCUUCAUCCAAGAACAUGGAAGUAGACAGCGACAAUGAAUCCGACUCUAGCCCUAAGCCGGAACCAGAAGACCUGGAACUCGUAGAGGUUACUGAUGCGGAUGACCUGUCAAUGCUUCAACGAUUAAAGGAAGGCCUUUCACAACUUCACGCCGUUGAACCCGAUGAGCACGUCAUUCAUGAAGACAUGCGUGAUAGUGAUGAUGAUGAUGCAUUUAUUGAUGAUGAUUAUUAGUUUGUAAGAUUCACAACUUAAAUUAUAUAUAUUUUAAUCUUUAUUAUUCAUGUACAUAUUAUUAUUCAUGUCAGUCAUUCAAUUUUUUUAUGUUGUACUAAUUUCUUUUAAUCUUUAUCAUGGCAGGUGUUGAAAGAUGGUGGGCGCGGGUCGAGAUCGCUCGACGGGUUCUUCCGAGGCGCCCCGCACGAGGGGUGGUACUUCCCUUCCACCCCUAUCUCUCUGUAGAGCCUUGGCAGACAGUCUUUCGACACCAGCCGUGGGUUCUUCUUUGUCGGCGGCAUUGCCCACUGGGAGAGGUGCUGGUCGGGUAGGGAAGGAGGGGAAGGGUACAGGGAGAGGUGGUGGCCGCGGAAGAUCCAGGAGGACUGUUGAGCCGUCCUCGCCACCACCACUAGCUCAUUCACCCGAGCAUAGGACUAGUACGGUCGACCCGUUUGCGGAGGAGGCUACGGGGACUCCGGUCCAGGAGCCUGCUGUUCACGGGCAUUCGUCCCAUGAGACUCCGGUCCAGGAGCAGCCUCGGGUCGAGGUGCAUUCGGCCCAGGAGCAGCCGGAGGAGACUAGGGUUCCGGAGGCUUCACCCGACGUGGAGAGGGCCGGAUGGGAGAUCUGGCCGGAUCGUACCGAGUUGCCGGAUUGGACCGAGGGUCCGGGUGGCUCAGGGGGCGGGGAUGGCGGGGAUGAGCUUACGGAUAGUGAGGGCGAUGUGCAGGUGGACGGGGCCACCGUGUACAAGCGUGGUAGUACACGUCUCCCGGUCGCCCCGGCUACCCGCGAGCAGAGGCCGGUGAUUAAACCUGAAGGAGAUAGGUAAGUACAUUUACCCUUUUUUAGCUUUUGCCUUCAAGUUUAUUCAAAUAUCUAAUGCGCUGACCUUAUCAUACUGCAGGGGAUGGGUACACCCUCUUGGAGUCCGCAGGCCGAACUCCGUCCAUUGUGUGCUUUGCCAGACAAAUUUCCCCGGGGUUUUUCACGUUGCGUGGUGAGGGUCAGGUUCCUACACUAGGAUUUACCUGGGAGCACUACCAGGCUGCGCAGGCCCCGCCGGAGGAGAUUAUAGAUGGUGUCUUGUGCCACACGAGGGCCGAGAUGGUGAUCAAGAGCUUUUGGGUAAAUUAUCCUUUUACAGGAUCUAAAAUUAACAAUAUAGCUAAUUAUUGUACUAAUCGGUGUUUUCACGUUUGAUUGCAGACCUUCUAUAGGUGUGAGGAUGGAUAUGAGGAGGAGGCGGCCAGGGUUCUCGAGGUCGAGUGUAGGCGGUUACUACAGAACUUGCGCCACGAGGCUCGGCCGCAGGCUAUUCGAGAUUACUACGCCACGCGUGGUAUUAAGAAGACGAAGAAGGAUUGAUUUGGAAAGUUUCUGAAGAAGGAGCAAUACAUGAAGGUAAUUACCUAUUCUUAAGUCCUUCUACGUAGUUUUCUUGAUUUCAUUCAUAGGCGUAGCGCUGAAAAUUCUUUCUAAUAACUUACAGGUGCCCCCGAGAUGGUGUGCGGAUAAGAUGGAUUGUUGGGGGGCGUUUGUUGAUGAGUGGUGCACACGCAGCUGGCGAGCCAUCCACGAGAAUGCGAAGGAUCGGCGUAGCCAAAUAGUUGGUGUGCCACACCAUCAAGGCAGCGCCAACUUACUUCAGUUUGGACGAAACUGGGUAUGUGAUUUGCUUCAUGAUUCAUGCAAUUCAUUCUUGAUGCUAAUAUUGUGUUCCUCUCUUUUAGGCGCAUCACAAUAAGACUGAGAUGCCACACUUGUACGACCUUUAUGGCAUGGCCCAUACUGCCUCGUACAAGAAGGCGAAGGCAUUCUCUGAGUCUGACCUGGAUGAUCCCAAUAACUUUACCAACAUAUCAUCCCACCAGAAGCUCGUGGCAUACAGGGACGCGGGGAAGGCUACGAAAGGGGAUGACUUUAACCCUAGCCAGGAACCUUUGGAUCCAGAGCUGGUGAUGAUAUCUGGUGGCGGGAGGCCCCAUGGCUCGAUAGCCAUUGGAGAUGGGAUAAUACGUUGUCCACUCACUCUUCCGGAGAUCAAGGCGCGCCAGUCGAGCAACUGUCCUGAGAUAACGCGUCGUCCACGGCCAGUCGAACUUGCCAUCAAGGUUAGUUGUAUGGACUAAGAACACUUUCAUCCAUUUCAUUAUCUGUGUCACCAUAGAUCAUUACUGUGGUAACGAGGAAUGGUGUUUCAGGCUGCUCUUCAGAAAGAGAGAGCGGCAAACCACGCUGCUCUUGAGAAAGAGAGAUUGGCAAGCCAGGCUGCUCUUCAGGCUGCUCUUGAUGAGAGGGACCAGACCAGAGCACGAUUGCUUGAGGAGGAGAGGGCUCGGAAUGAGGCGGGUCAACGGGCCCUGUACGAGCUUUCUGUGGUAUGUUUUAUUCACAUUAGCCAAAUCAUGUGUGUAAUGUAUGUUUCAAUACCAACUAAUACGACCCACUCUUCAGGGUCUGUGCGAGAAGAGCGGUCAAGUCCCUCCGCCGAUGCCCGUCUUCUCUUCGAUUGGCACGGUGAGUUUCAUUAUAAACUAGUAUUAAUAAUUGAGUGUCAUCAUGCAAACUAAGACAUUGCAAAAUAUCUUCUCUGCAGAAUAACUCCCAAGCGGCAUCGCACGACCCUUCUCCAGGGCAACCGUCUCCAAACGAAGCCGCCGCGAGCAACCGUGGUGUUUCUCCUCGUUGAUGACCACUACGGUAAGUUUCUCCUCCAAAUUUAGCUUGUUUUCCUCUAAAAUGAGAUAAUUAGCCCAUUUAGAUCCAAGAAGACAUAAUUAGGUAAUUUAGCUCCAACAAGAGGAGGAGAAAUAGGAAAAAUUAAAAUAAAGAAGAAGAAGAAGAAGAGAAGAAGGAGAAGGAGGAGGAGGAGGAGGAGGAGGAGGAGAAGGAGGAGAAGGCCAAGGACCUUCUAGUCCUUCUCCUCCUCCUCCUUCUCCUCCUUCUCCUCCUUGAUUUCUUCUUCUUAUCCUCCUCCUCCUGUUUGUUCUCCCCUUUCAUAUUAUCCUUGCUUUAAUUUCCCCAACAAUGACAUAAUUAGUCCAUUUAGCUCCAAAAUACCAUAAUAAGCUCAAAAUGGCAUAAGAACCNNNNNNNNNNNNNNNNNNNNNNNNNNNNNNNNNNNNNNNNNNNNNNNNNNNNNNNNNNNNNNNNNNNNNNNNNNNNNNNNNNNNNNNNNNNNNNNNNNNNCGAGUGGGCCCCGAGAUACCUCUCCGUCACACGGAGUGACAAAUCCCACUCUCGAUCCAUACUAACUCGACGAACACCUUCGGAGAUACCUGUAGAGCAUCUUUAUAGUCACCCAGUUACGUUGCGACAUUUGAUACACACAAAGCAUUCCUCCGGUGUCAGUGAGUUAUAUGAUCUCAUGGUCAUAGGAACAAAUACUUGACACGCAGAAAACAGUAGCACUAAAAUGACACGAUCAAUAUGCUACGUCUAUUAGUUUGGGCUAGUCCAUCACGUGAUUCUCCUAAUGACAUGAUCCAGUUAUCAAGCAACAACGCUUUGUUCAUAAUCAGAAGACCCUGACUAUCUUUGAUCAACUGGCUAGCCAACUAGAGGCUUGCUAGGGACAGUGUUUUGUCUAUGUAUCCACACAUGUAUAUAAGUCUUCAUUCAAUACAAUUAUAGCAUGGAUAAUAAACGAUUAUCUUGAUACAGGAAUUAUAAUAAUAACUAUAUUUAUUAUGGCCUCUAGGGCAUAAUUCCAACAGUACAUGUACUCUAUGCAUGACUUGCCAGCGUAUGCACUAUUCUCUCGAUGGUGUGUGCAUGGAAGGUUCCCGUGCCCCAAAUGCAAGGCAGCUCUUCAGUUUCAUUGGUUGCAGGAGGGUCGGAAGUAUUCUUGCUUUGACUUGCAUAGACAGUUCCUGGAUCCUGACCAUCAGUUCAGAAAAGACAAGAAGAACUUUACCAAAGGUAAAGUUGUCAAAAACUUGGCACCACCUGCGUUCACAGGCCAACAGAUCCUGGAUUAGUUAAACGCCCUCGAGCCUGAUCCAGAGCGUCCAGGGUAUUUCAAGGGGUAUAAUUCAAAACACGCCUGUACUCAGAAGCCAUGCUUCUGGGAUCUGCCUUACUUCAAAGACCUCCUUCUUCCANNNNNNNNNNAUAAAGGUAAAGUUGUCAAGAACUUGGCACCACCUGCGUUCACAGGCCAACAGAUCUUGGAUGAGUUAAACGCCCUCGAGCCUGAUCCAGAGCGUCCAUGGUAUUUCAAGGGUUAUAAUUCAAAACACGCCUGGACUCACAAGCCAUGCUUCUGGGAUCUGCCUUACUUCAAAGACCUCCUUCUUCCACACAAUAUCGACAUGAUGCACACUGAAAAGAAUAUGGGAGAGGCUAUUUUUGGUACAUUGUUUGACAUAGAUGGGAAGACAAAGGAUAAUAUUAAGGCUAGAGUCGAUCAAGAGACACUAUGUCAUAGACCAUUACAAAACAUGCGAGAAGGCAAAGGAAAGCAGAAGUGGUCGAAGCCAAAGGCCUGGUUCAUUCAUGGAAGGCCAGCUAUGAGGGAAAUUAUCUUGUGGGUCAAAAUGCACUUGAUGUUCCCCGAUGGGUAUGCAGCGAAUCUAAAGAGGGGAGCGAGUCUUGAAAAAUUAAAAAUCUUUGGUCUCAAGAGUCAUGAUUGGCACAUAUGGCUAGAGCGGGUAAUACCGGUGAUGUUAUGUGGCUUUAUUCCCGAGGAUGAAUGGCUAGUACUGGCGGAGCUGAGCUAUUUCUUUCAUGUUCUUUGUGCGAAAGAAUUGUCGCCUGGCGUGGUAGAAGACAUGGAGGAGUUUGCACUGGAGUUGUUGUGCAAGUUAGAGAAGAUCUUUCCACCGGGCUUCUUUAAUCCAAUGCAGCAUUUGAUUUUACAUCUACUGACCGAGGCAAGAUUGGGUGGGCCCGUGCAAGAUCGUUGGUGCUAUGCAACUGAGAGGAUGCAGAAGACCCUUCGAGCUAAAUGUAAGAAUAAGCGUUGAAUUGAAGCAUCGAUGGCUGAGUCAUUCAUUACUGAGGAGGUGGCAAACUUUGUGACAGCACACUACGAAGCCAAAAAUCAUCAUCUGCAUAAUCCGAAGCCUCGGCACAAUGAUGCAGACCAUAAAAAAGGUGGGUCCAACCUCAGCCUAUUCAAAGGGAAGCUCGCACCAGUCGGUGCUUCGAAACCAAUAACGUUGGAUGUCGAAGAAUGGCGGAACAUUUCGUUGUAUAUCUUCAACAACCUACCAGAAGUGCGGCCGUACAUCGAGUGAGUUCUCGACACAUUUUCCCGUAACUUCUAAUUCAUUUGAACUGCUCUUAUUCCCGGAUAUUUCAAACAGCCCUUACAUCGUCAAAUUCUCGGAUGGAGCGGUGAUCGAAAAUGAUUCCGUCGAAGAUUAUGCGCUUCUGUCAAAGACAGGAGGCGGCUAUCCCGGUUUCAUCUCUUGGUUCAAACAAACGGUAAUUAUCAAUAAUGGACCAUUUCAUUCUUGGUCAACCUUGGUUAGCUCAUGAAUAUUAUAUACUUAGCUUGUUUUCCUCUAAAGUGGGAUAAUUAGCCCAUUUAGCUCAAAAAAAACAUAAUUACGUAAUUUAGCUCCAAGAAGAGGAGAAGAAAUAGGAAAAAUAAAAAUAAAGAAGAAGAAGAAGAAGAGAAGAAGGAGAAGGAGGAGGAGGAGGAGGAGGAGGAGAAGGAGGAGAAGGCAAAGGACCUUCUAGUCCUUCUCCUCCUCCUCCUUCUCCUCCUUCUCCUCNNNNNNNNNNNNNNNNNNNNNNNNNNNNNNNNNNNNNNNNNNNNNNNNNNNNNNNNNNNNNNNNNNNNNNNNNNNNNNNNNNNNNNNNNNNNNNNNNNNNCUUUCAUAUUAUCCUUGAUUAAUUUCCCCAACAAUGACAUAAUUAGCCCAUUUAGCUCCAAAAUGCCAUAAUAAGCUCAAAAUGGCAUCAGAACCUUGGUUAGCUCAUGAAUAUUAUAUACUUAGCUUGUUUUCCUCNNNNNNNNNNACCUCCUCCUCCUUCUCCUCCUUCUCCUCCUUCUCUUCUUCUUCUUCUCCUCCUCCUCCUCUUUCUUCUCCUCUUUCAUAUUAUCCUUGCUUUAAUUUCCCCAAAAAGACAUAAUUAGCCCAUUUAGCUCCAAAAUGCCAAAAUAACCUCAAAAUGGCAUAAGAACAUUGGUUAGGUCAUGAAUAUUAUAUACAUAGCUUGUUUUCCUCUAAAAUGAGAUAAUUAGCCCAUUUAGCUCCAAAAAGACAUAAUUAGGUAAUUUAGCUCCAACAAGAGGAGAAGAGGAGAAGAAAUAGGCAAAAUGAAAAGAAAGAAGAAGAAGAAGAGAAGAAGGAGAAGGAGGAGGAGGAGAAGGAGGAGAAGGCCAAGGACCUUCUAGUCCUUCNNNNNNNNNNAAUAGGAAAAAUGAAAAUAAAGAAGAAGAAGAAGAAGAGAAGAAUGAGAAGGAGGAGGAGUAGGAGGAGAAGGAGGAGAAGGCCAAGGACCUUCUAGUCCUUAUCCUCCUCCUCCUUCUCCUUUUUCUCCUCCUUCUUCUUGAUUUCUUCUUCUUCUCCUCCUCCUCCUCUUUCUUCUCCUCUUUCAUAUUAUCCUUGCUUUAAUUUCCCCAAAAAGACAUAAUUAGCUCAUUUAGCUCCAAAAUGCCAUAAUAACCUCAAAAUGGCAUAAGAACCUUGGUUAGAUCAUGAAUAUUAUAUACUUAGCUUGUUUUCCUAUAAAAUGAGAUAAUUAGCCCAUUUAGCUCCAAAAAGACAUAAUUAGGUNNNNNNNNNNNNNNNNNNNNNNNNNNNNNNNNNNNNNNNNNNNNNNNNNNNNNNNNNNNNNNNNNNNNNNNNNNNNNNNNNNNNNNNNNNNNNNNNNNNNNNNNNNNNNNNNNNNNNNNNNNNNNNNNNNCUUAUCCUCCCUCUUCUUGAUUUCUUCUUCUUCUCCUCCUCCUCCUCUUUCUUCUCCCCUUUCAUAUUAUCCUUGCUUUAAUUUCCCCAAAAAGACAUAAUUAGCCCAUUUAGCUCCAAAAUGCCAUAAUAAGGUCAAAAUGGCAUAAGAACCUUGGUUAGCUCAUGAAUAUUAUAUACUUANNNNNNNNNNNNNNNNNNNNNNNNNNNNNNNNNNNNNNNNNNNNNNNNNNNNNNNNNNNNNNNNNNNNNNNNNNNNNNNNNNNNNNNNNNNNNNNNNNNNCUUCUAGUCCUUCUCCUCCUCCUCCUUCUCCUCCUUCUCCUCCUUCUUGAUUUCUUCUUCUUCUCCUCCGCCUCCUAUUUCUUCUCCUAUUUCAUAUUAUCCUUGCUUUAAUUUCCCCAACAAUGACAUAAUUAGCCCAUUUAGCUCCAAAAUACCGUAAUAAGCUCAAAAUAGCAUAAGAACCUUGGUUAGCUCAUGAAUAUUAUAUACUUAGCUUGUUUNNNNNNNNNNACCCAUUUAGCUCCAAAAAGACAUAAUUAGGUAAUUUAGCUCCAACAAUAAAUAGGAAAAAUGAAAAGAAAGAAAGAAGAAGAAGAAGAGAGGAAGGAGAAGGAGGAGGAGGAGGAGAAGGCCAAGGACCUUCUAGUCCUUCUCCUCCUCCUUGUCCUCCUUCUUGAUUUCUUUUUCUUCUCCUCCUCCUCCUCUUUCCUCUCCUAUUUCAUAUUAUCCUUGCUUUAAUUUCCCCAACAAUGACAUAAUUAACCCAUUUAGCUCCAAAAUGCCAUAAUAAGCUAAAAAUGGCAUAAGAACCUUGGUUAGCUCAUGAAUAUUAUAUUCUUAGCUUGUUUUCCGCUAGAAAUGACAUAAUUACCUCAAAACAUCAUAUUUUGUUCUUUUUCUGACUUUCUUAUUCACAUUUUUGCAGAUUGGAUAUACUACAUGCAUGAAAGCUGGCAUUCAUGGAGUUGAACAAUGUCGAUGGAUGAACUUUAUAUGUAUAUCAUCUAGUUUUCAUUUGAGUUGAUGAACAAUGUUGAACUAUAUGUAUAUAUAUAUGGAUAAACAGUGCAAUACUUUGUAUGUUGGUUCUUUUGAUAUAUGGGGAUGUACAUUGAUUUAUAUGUAUAUCAUAUAUGUGUGGUGAAUUAUAUAUAUGUGUUGGCAAGUAUAUGUGNNNNNNNNNNNNNNNNNNNNNNNNNNNNNNNNNNNNNNNNNNNNNNNNNNNNNNNNNNNNNNNNNNNNNNNNNNNNNNNNNNNNNNNNNNNNNNNNNNNNCGCGAUGAUGACACUAUUUGGACGUUUCCUACCCAAAGGCCAUGUCAUGCCUGCAAACCUGUACCAGUCGGAAAAAAUAUUUCGUUUACUUAAGAUGCACUAUGAGAAGAUACAUGCAUGUGAGAAAGGAUGUGUCUUAUUUAGGAAGGAGUAUCUACACUUGGACUAUUGUCCCAAUUGCGAGUCUUGCAGGUAUCUUGUGGUAGACAAACGGUAUGGGUGAGAAGAGGCAGACCAAAAUCGCAGUUAGUGUUCUUCGGUAUAUCACAAUCGUACCAAUACUUCAACGUCUUUUCAUGGUCGAAGAGACAGCCAGACAGAUGACAAGGCACAAAUUGGGCAAAAGAACCGAACUAGAUGCGGAUGGGAAUAAGAUGAUGGUACACACAUCGGAUGGGGAAGCGUGGAAACAUUUCGAUGGAUUGCAUCAAGAUAAAGCGACAGAUCCAAGGAAUCCUCGAGUCUGUGCCGCCACGGUCGGUUUUAAUCCCUUCGGCAUGACGACAACCCAAUACAGUUGUUGGCCUGUAUUUGUCAUUCCACUCAAUCUCCNNNNNNNNNNCCUAGGCAGAUUAUGCAAAGAAAGAUCAUAUUUCUGACGUUGAUAAUUCCAGGGCCCAAUUAUCCGGGGAAGAAUAUGAAUGUGUAUCUGCAACCGCUUAAGGAUGAAUUGGAAGAAGCUUGGGAUAAUGGGGUCAAGACAUACGAUGCCGCUAGAAAAAAAAACUUCAAAAUGCAUGUGUGGUACAUGUUGGGGAACGUCGCAUGGGAAACAAAAAAUUUCCUACGCGCACGAAGACAUAUCAUGGUGAUGUCCAUCUACGAGAGGGCAUAUUCGAUCUACGUACCCUUGUAUGAUUUCCAACAAGUCACUAGCACGCUCAAUUGUUCCGGAGAACGGAGUUUUAGUCAUCUUGCCCAUGAGGCAUGGUUCGCACGUGUCAAGUGAAUCAAAGUCAAGUGACUCCAAAAGUCCAUCGGCAUGGAGUUUCUUCAUGCGCUUUACACCAAUAUGACCUAAGCGGUAGUGCCACAAAAAUAUGGCGCUAUCAUUGUUAACUUUAACUCUUUUGGUCUCAAUGUUAUGUAUGUGUGUAUCACUAUCAAGAUUCAAUAUGAACAAUCCUCUCACAUUGGGUGCAUGACCAUAAAAGAUGUUACUCAUAGAAAUAGAACAACUAUUAUUCUCUGAAUUAAAAGAGUAACCGUCUCGCAAUAAACAAGAUCCAGAUAUAAUGUUCAUGCUCAACGCAGGCACUAAAUAACCAUGAUUCAAGUUCAUAACUAAUCCUGAUGGUAACUGAAGUGAAACUGUGCCGACGGCGAUUGCAUCAAACUUGGAACCAUUUCCUACGCGCAUCGUCACUUCAUCUUUCGCCAGCCUUCGUCUAUUCCGCAGUUCCUGUUUCGAGUUGCAAAUAUGAGCAACAGAACCGGUAUCGAAUACCCAGGCACUACUACGAGUGCCGGUUAAGUACACAUCAAUAACAUGUAUAUCAAAUAUACCUGAUUUUUCUUUGGCCGCCUUCUUAUCAGCCAGAUACUUGGGGCAGUUGCGCUUCUAGUGACCCAUACCCUUGCAAUAGUAACACUCUGUUUCAGGCUUAGGUCCAGCUUUGGGUUUCUUCAUCGGAUUGGCAACAGGCUUGCCGCUCUUCUUUGAAUUACCCGUCUUGCCUUUGCCGUUUCUCUUGAAACUAGUGGUCUUAUUCACCAUCAACACUUGAUGCUCNNNNNNNNNNCCCGCCUUCUUAUCUGCCAGAUACUUGGGGCAAUUGCGCUUCCAAUGACCCAUACCCUUGCAAUAGUAACACUCCGUUUCCGGCUUAGGUCCAGCUUUGGGUUUCUUCGUCGGAUUGGCAACAGGCUUGCCGCUCUUCUUCGAAUUUCCCUUCUUGCCUUUGCUGUUUCUCUUGAAACUAGUGGUCUUAUUCACCAUCAACACUUGAUGCUCUUUAUGGAGUUCAGACUCUGCGACUUUCAGCAUCGCAAACAACUCGCCGGGUGACUUGUUCAUCCCUUGCAUGUUGUAGUUCAACACAAAGCCUUUAUAGCUUGGUGGCAGUGAUUGAAGGAUUCUGUCAGUGAUAGCUUCUUGCGGGAGUUCAAUCCCCAGCUCAGCUAGACGGUUUGAGUACCCACACAUUUUGAGCACAUGUUCACUGACAGACGAGUUUUCCUCCAUCUUGCAAGCAUAGAAUUUAUCANNNNNNNNNNGUUUGAGUACCCAGACAUUUUGAGCACAUGUUCACUGACAGAUGAGUUUUCCUCCAUCUUGCAAGCAUAGAAUUUAUCGGAGGUCUCAUACCUCUCGAUCCGGGCGUUCUUCUGAAAGAUAAAUUCCAACUCCUGGAACAUCUCAAAUGCUCCAUGACGCUCAAAGCGACGUUGAAGUCCCGGUUCUAAGCCAUACAAGACUGCACAUUGAACUANNNNNNNNNNNNNNNNNNNNNNNNNNNNNNNNNNNNNNNNNNNNNNNNNNNNNNNNNNNNNNNNNNNNNNNNNNNNNNNNNNNNNNNNNNNNNNNNNNNNCAUGCUAGGCUCGUCAAGCUUAACCCGAGUAUUCCGCGUGCGCAACUGUUUUGCACCCGUUGUAUGUGAACGUUGAGUCUAUCACACCCGAUCAUCACGUGGUGUCUCGAAACGACGAACUGUAGCAACGGUGCACAGCCGGGGAGAACACAAUUUCGUAUUGAAAUUUUAGUGAGAGAUCACCUCAUAAUGCUACCGACGUUUUAAGCAAAAUAAGGUGCAUAAAAGGAUUAACAUCACAUGCAAUUCAUAAGUGACAUGAUAUGGCCAUCAUCACGUGCUCCUUGAUCUCCAUCAGCAAAGCACCGGCACGAUCUUCUUGUCACCGGCGCCACACCAUGAUCUCCAUCAACGUGUCACCAUCAGGGUUGUCGUGCUGCUCAUGCUAUUACUACUAAUGCUACAUCCUAGCAAAAUAGUAAACGCAUCUGCAAGCACAAACGUUAGUUUAAAGACAACCCUAUGGCUCCUGCCGGUUGCCGUACCAUCGACGUGCAAGUCGAUAUUUCUAUUACAACAUGAUCAUCUCAUACAUCCAAUAUAUCACAUCACAUCAUUGGCCAUACCACAUCACAAGCAUACCCUGCAAAAACAAGUUAGACGUCCUCUAAUUUUGUUGUUGCAUGUUUUACGUGGUGACCAUGGGUAUCUAGUAGGAUCGCAUCUUACUUACGCAAACACCACAACGGAGAUAUAUGAGUUGCUAUUUAACCUCAUCCAAGGACCUCCUCGGUCAAAUCCGAUUCAACUAAAGUUGGAGAAACCGACACUUGCCAGUCAUCUUUGAGCAACGGAGUUACUCGUAACGAUGAAACCAGUCUGUCGUAAGCGUACGAGUAAUGUCGGUCCAAGCCGCUUCAAUCCAACAAUACCGCGGAAUCAAGAAAAGACUANNNNNNNNNNNNNNNNNNNNNNNNNNNNNNNNNNNNNNNNNNCUCGUAAGCGUACGAGUAAUGUCGGUCCAAGCCGCUUCGAUCCAACAAUACCGCGGAAUCAAGAAAAGACUAAGGAGGGCAGCAAAACGCACAUCACCGCCCACAAAAACUUUUGUGUUAUACUCGAGAAGACAUCUACGCAUGAACCUAGCUCAUGAUGCCACUGUUGGGUAACGUCGCAUGGGAAACAAAAAAUUUACUACGCGCACGAAGACCUAUCAUGGUGAUGUCCAUCUACGAGAGGGGAUAUUCGAUCUACGUACCCUUGUAGAUCGCACAGCUGAAGUGUUAGUGAACACGGUUGAUGUAGUGGAACGUCCUCAGGUCCCUCGAUCCGCCCCGCGAACCGCCCCGCGAUCAGUCCCACGAUCUAGUGCCGAACGGACCACCUCCGCGUUCAGCACACGUACAGCUCGACGAUGAUCUCGGCCUUCNNNNNNNNNNNNNNNNNNNNNNNNNNNNNNNNNNNNNNNNNNNNNNNNNNNNNNNNNNNNNNNNNNNNNNNNNNNNNNNNNNNNNNNNNNNNNNNNNNNNCGCCCCUGCUGCACCCCCAGCCCCACCACCGGCGCCGCCGGCCCAGCCACUGCCCCGCAGGCCCCGGCGCCGCCCCCGCAGCCCCAACACUGCCGGUAAGCCCCCACACCCCACCCCCUUGUUAUUUAGUUUUUUGGAGGAAGAAGAAGAAUAAGAAGAGAGGAGGAGAAGAGGAGAAGAAGAGGAGGAGUAGGAGGAGGAGGAGUAGGAGGAGGAUGAGGAAGAGAAGAAAAAGAAGAAGAAGAACAAGAAGAACAAGAAGAAGAGAAGAAAAAAUUAAGAAGGAGAAGAAGAAGAAGAGAAGAAAAAAAAAGAAGGAGAAGAAGUAAAGAAGAAGAGAAGAAGAGAAUAAGAAAAAAAUAAGAAGGAGAAGAAGAGAAAAAAGAAGAAGAAGUUGAUUUUUUAUUGUCUGGUAUUUAGUUUUUUGGAAUUAAUUAGUAGUUUUAGUGGUAGAUUCUGUUAGUUAAUUAGUAGAUUUAGUGGUAGAUUCUGUUAGUUUAUUCGCCCAUCAUUAUUGCUUAGGUUCAAGACUACUUCAAAGAAGAUCACAUGUUCUUUUGUGGAAAUCAAGUCUGUCAAAAUAAUGUAUCGUCUAUAUUUAUUGGUAGUGGAGCAAAACAGGACAACUUAAAUAAUAUUGCCAUCCUCAAACGUAGAAAAUAUUGAAAAGUUUUAUAUAACCUGAAAAGUAGUAUAGGUAACGUGGAAAGUCCUCUGGACCAAAAGGGCAACUUCUGGACCUGCGAACUUUGCGUGGUAGGUGCAUGUCCAUGCACCAGGGUAAUUAACCCAACAAUGACAUAAUUAGCCCAUUUAGCUCCAAAAUACUAUAAUAAGCUCAAAAUGGCAUAAGAACCUUGGUUAGCUCAUUAAUAUUNNNNNNNNNNNNNNNNNNNNNNNNNNNNNNNNNNNNNNNNNNNNNNNNNNNNNNNNNNNNNNNNNNNNNNNNNNNNNNNNNNNNNNNNNNNNNNNNNNNNACACACAUAUACAUAUAUAUAUAUAUAUAUAUAUAUAUAUAUUUGAUAGCACAUUUAUAUAAUUCACCACACAUAUAUGAUAUAUAGUUCACGACAGAUAUACUUGCCAACACAUAUAUAUAAUUCACCACACAUAUAUGAUUCACCAAUGUACAUCCCCAUAUAUCCAAAGAACCAACAUACCAAGUAUUGCACUGUUUAUCCAUAUAUACAUAUACAUAUAGUUCAACAUUGUUCAUCAACUCAAAUGAAAACUAGAUGAUAUACAUAUAAAGUUCAUCCAUCGACAUUGUUCAACUCCAUGAAUGCCAGCUCCCAUGCAUGUAGUAUAUCCAAUCUGCAAAAAUGUGAAUAAGAAAGUUAGAAGAAGAACAAAAUAUGAUGUUUUUAAGCUAAUUAUGUCAUUUUUAGCGGAAAACAAGCUAAGUAUAUGUGUGGUGAACUAUAUAUCAUUUGUUGGAGCUAAAUUACCUAAUUAUGUCUUUUUUGAGCUAAAUGGGCUAAUUAUACCAUUUUAGAGGAAAACAAGCUAAGUAUAUAAUAUUAAUGAGCUAACCAAGGUUCUUAUGCCAUUUUGAGCUUAUUAUGGUAUUUUCGAGGUAAAUAGGCUAAUUAUGUCAUUGUUGGGUUAAUUAAAACAAGGAUAAUAUGAAAGAGGAGAAGAAAGAGGAGGAGGAGGAGAAGAAGAAGAAAUCAAGAAGAAGGAGGAGAAGGAGGAGAAGGAGGAGGAGGAGAAGAAGAAGAAAUCAAGAAGAAGGAGGAGAAGGAGGAGAAGGAGGAGGAGGAGAAGGACUAGAAGGUCCUUGGCCUUCUCCUCCUCCUCCUCCUCCUCCUCCUCCUUCUCCUUCUUCUCUUCUUCUUCUUCUGUUCUUCUUCUUCUUCUUUCUUUUCAUUUUGCCUAUUUCUUCUCCGCUUCUCCUCAUGUUGGAGCUAAAUUACCUAAUUAUGUAUUUUUUGAGCUAAAUGGGCUAAUUAUCCCAUUUUAGAGGAAAACAAGCUAAGUAUAUAAUAUUAAUGAGCUAACCAAGGUUCUUAUCCAUUUUGAGCUUAUUAUGGUAUUUCGGAGCUAAAUGGGCUAAUUAAGUCAUUGUUGGGUUAAUUAAAGCAAGGAUAAUAUGAAAGAGGAGAAGAAAGAGGAGGAGGAGGAGAAGAAAAAGAAAUCAGGAAGAAGGAGGAGGAGAGGAGAAGGAGGAGGAGGAGAAGGAUAGAAGGUCCUUGGCCUUCUCCUCCUCCUCCUCCUCCUUCUCCUUCUUCUCUUCUUCUUCUUCUUCNNNNNNNNNNNNNNNNNNNNNNNNNNNNNNNNNNNNNNNNNNNNNNNNNNNNNNNNNNNNNNNNNNNNNNNNNNNNNNNNNNNNNNNNNNNNNNNNNNNNCAGGGUUUCGAACGAGAACUCAUCUCUUACAAAGGGAUUUCAUUUUUUAAAACUUAUUUGAACUCCAUACUUUUUGUGUGUUCAAACUGCACCAUUCAAAGGCACAUCACAAAAUUUCAACAAUUUCUGACUUCANNNNNNNNNNACUGGAUGCAGUUCGUGUUCAAAACUGACAAUCUCUCUCGAAGUAGCAGGGUUUCGAACGAGAACUCAUCUCUUACAAAAGGAUUUCAUUUUUUUAAACUUAUUUGAACUCCAUACUUUUUGUGUGUUCAAAAUGCACCAUUCAAAGGCACAUCAGAAAAUUUCAACAAUUUCUGACUUCAUUUGGUAUAUUUCGUGCAUUUACUUAUUUUUUUGAGCUAGUUGACCCUGAAAUUGAAAAGCACUACAAAUGAACUCUGAAAAAUGUUGAAAGUUGGCAUGCUAUCAUCAUUUAACCCACAUAGCAUGUGUUAGAAAGUUGAGAGGGCUACGACAAAAGCUGGAUGCAGUUCGUGUACAACACUGACAAUCUCUCUCGAAGUAGCAGGGUUUCGAACGAGAACUCAUCUNNNNNNNNNNNNNNNNNNNNNNNNNNNNNNNNNNNNNNNNNNNNNNNNNNNNNNNNNNNNNNNNNNNNNNNNNNNNNNNNNNNNNNNNNNNNNNNNNNNNUUCAUGAUUACCUUGCUAGUUUGCUUGAAGUAUUAUUGUCUCCACGUCAAUAGAAAACUAUUGUUUUGAAUCUAAUGGAUCUGAACAUUCACGUCACAUAAGAGGAGUUACAAAGGACAUCUAUGCUAGCUAGCAUGAAAGCAUAAAAAUUCAUUCUUUAUCACUUCCCUACUCGAGGACGAACAGGAGUUAAGCUUGGGGAUGCUUGAAACGUCUCAAACGUAUCUAUAAUUUUUGAUGGUUUCAUGCCGUUAUCUUGUCAACUCUCGAUGUUUUAUAUUCCUUUUAUAUGUUUUUUGGGACUAACUUAUUAAUUCAGUGCCAAGUGCCAGUUCCUGUUUUUCUGUGUUUUUGACUCUUUUCAGAUCUGAUUUUGGAACGGAGUCCAAACGGAAUAAAAUCCCCAAAAUAAAAUUUUCCAGAACAGAAGAAGAUCGGUGGACUUGAGGGCCAAGGCAGGAGGCCCACAGGGAGCCCACAAGCCCUAACGCCACGGCCAGGGGGGCCCGCGGCGACUAGGCUUGUGGGCUCCUUGGCGCUCCUCUGCCCUAGCUCUUUCGCCUAUAUAUUCCCUAAAAUCCCAGAAAAAAUCAGGGCANNNNNNNNNNCCGCCGCCACAAGCUUCCGUUUCCGCGAGAUCUCAUCUCGAGACCCUUCCUGGUGCCCUGCCGGAGGGGACUUUGGAGUUGGAGGGCUUCUACAUCAACAUCAUCGCCUCUCCAAUGACUCGUGAGUAGUCCACUUCAGACCUAUGGGUCCGUAGUUAGUAGCUAGAUGGCUUCUUGUCUCUCUUGGAUCUUCAAUACAAAGUUCUCCAUGAUCUUCAUGGAGAUCUAUCCGAUGUAAUCCUCUUUGGCGGUGUGUUUGUCUAGAUCCGAUGAAUUGUGGAUUUGUAAUCAGAUUAUCUACGAAUUAUACUUGAGUCUUUGAUGAUUUCUUAUAUGCAUGAUUUUAUAUCCUUGUAAGUCGCUCCGAGUCUUGGGUUUUGUUUGGACAACUAGAUCUAUGAUUCUUGCAAUGGGAGAAGUGCUUGGUUUUGGGUUCAUACCGUGAGGUGACCUUUCCCAGUGAUAGAAGGGGCAGCAAGGCACGCAUCGUGUUGUUGCCAUCAAGGGUAACAAGAUGGGAUUUUAGCAUAGAUUUGAGAUUGUUCAUCUACAUCAUGUCAUCUUGCUUAGAUGCAUGCUGGAUAGCGGUCGACGUGUGGAGUAAUAGUAGUAGAUAAAGAAAGUAUCGGUCUACUUGUUUUGGACGUGAUGCCUAUAGAUAUGAUCAUUGCCAUANNNNNNNNNNCGCUUUCAUCAUAGAUUUGAGAUUGUUCAUCUACAUCGUGUCAUCUUGCUUAAGGCGUUACUGUGUUCUUAUGAAAUCAAUACACUAGAUGCAUGCUGGAUAGCAGUGGACAUGUGGAGUAAUAGUAGUAGAUGCAGAAAGUAUUGGUCUACUUGUUUUGGACGUGAUGCCUAUAGAUAUGAUCAUUGCCAUAGAUAACGUCAUGACUUUGCACGGUUCUAUCAAUUGCUUGACAGUAAUUCGUUGACCCACCGUCUACUUGCUUUCAUGAGAGAAGCCACUGGUGAACACUACGGCCCCCGGGUCUAUUCACAACUAUCGCUUCCACUUUUACUUUUACUUUGCUUUGUUUACUUUUUGCUUUCAGUUCUCACUUUGCAAACAAUCUAUAAGGGAUUGACAACCCCUUCAUAGCAUUGGGUGCAAGCUCUUUGUGUUUGUGCAGGUACUUGUGACUUGACGCGAUCCUCCUACUGGAUUGAUACCUUGGUUCUGAAACUGAGGGAACUACUUACCGCCGCUGUGCUACAUCACCCUUUCCUCUUCAAGGGAACAACAACGCAAGGCUCCAAGGCCGCGGGGGAAUCCUUUGCAUAUUUGCCAANNNNNNNNNNAGAUUGAUACCUUGGUUCUCAAACUGAGGGAAAUACUUACCGUCGCUGUGCUACAUCACCCUUUCCUCUUCAAGGGAACACCAACGCAAGGCUCCAAGGCCGCGGGGGAAUCCUUUGCAUAUUUGCCAAGGAAGUUCCUAUAGGCAUAGCCCGUAGCAGAAGGAUUCCUGGCGCUGUUGCCAGGGAGGGUCUUUUGUUGCCGUAGCAGAAGUAUUUCUGGAGCCGUUGACGGGGAGGAUCGCUUGCCAAGGAGUAUCAAGACAGGAAUAAUCUCCCAUCAACACACCUAUUUCUGGCGCCGUUGCCGGGGAGAGAUCAAGUCAAGAUCUAUCCNNNNNNNNNNAUCCCUAGAGGCGUAGCCCGUAGUAGAAGGAUUCCUGGCGCCGUUGCCAGGGAAGGUCUAUUGUUGCCGUAGGAGAAGUAUUUCUGGCGCCGUUGCCGGGGAGGAUCGCUUGCCGAGGAGUAUCAAGACAAGAAUAAUCUCCCGUCAACACGCCUAUUUCUGGCGCCGUUGCCGGGGAGAGAUCAAGUCAAGAUCUAUCCAAGUAGGUGUCACAAACUCAUCUCUUGCAUUUACCUUUUUUCCCAGUUGCCUCUCGUUUUCCUCUCCCCCACUUCACAUUUGCCGUUUUCAUUCGCCUUUUUCGUUUGCCUUUUUGGUUCACCCUUUUCUCUCGCUUGCUUUCUGUUCGCUUGUGUGCCAUGUGCCUUCNNNNNNNNNNUCCUUUUUUUGUUUGCCUUUUUGGUUCGCCCUUUUCUCUCGCUUGCUUUCUGUUCGCUUGUGUGCCAUGUGCCUUCAAUAUGUUUGCAUCUUCGCUUGCUGAAAAUCUAGUGAUAUGGAUCCUCAUCCACUUGCUAAUCUCUUUAAGAGAUCCAAUUAUGUUGAUCCAAUUGCUAGUGAGUUGAGUGCACUUAUGUAUCUUUAUGGAGUUUUGCUUGAGAUGCGUGAAUCUGAAAAUUGUGAGGAAGAAAUUUAUGAAGUGAUUGACGAGGGCUCCUUGGAUGAAAAGCAUGAUUGCAAUGGUUUCACUAUAAAUUCUAUUAGUGACAAUCAUGCUAAGAAUAUGGAAAACCCUAAGCUUGCAGAUGCUAGUUUUGCUAUGUCCCCUACUUGUUGCAAUGAUCAUGAGUGGGGCGAUGAUUUUUCUUAUGAUCUUGAAAAUUUGUUUAAGCCUCAUGAUGAAUANNNNNNNNNNGAAUGGUUUCACUAUAAAUUCUAUUAGUGACAAUCAUGCUAAGAAUAUGCAAAACCCUAAGCUUGCAGAUGCUAGUUUAGCUAUGUCCCCUACUUGUUGCAAUGAUCAUGAGUGGGGCGGUGAUUUUUCUUAUGAUCUUGAAAAUUUGUUUAAGCCUCAUGAUGAAUAUGAUAUUUGCAAUAUCAUUGAAAGUGGGUUUGGAGAAAUCAUGACUUUAGUUGAUGAUAAUCCGACUAUUUUUGAAGAGCGUCAACUUUGCAUGCAUGUGGAUCAUGAAAAGAAUAUCCUAUGUGAUAGUUACAUUGUUUAAUUCGAAUANNNNNNNNNNUAUUGAAAGUGGGUUUGGAGAAAUCAUGACAUUGGUUGAUGAUAAUCCCACUAUUUUUUAAGAGCGUGAACUUUGCAUGCAUGUGGGUCAUGAAAAGAAUAUCCUAUGUGAUAGUUACAUUGUUUAAUUCGAAUAUGAUCCCACAUGUAAUUACUAUGAGAGAGGAAAAUAUUGUGGUAGAAACUUUCAUGUUACCAAAUUACCUCUUGUUAUGUGGAGAUUGCUAUUGUCUCUUUCUUCUUCCUUGCAUAUGGUAACUAUUGGUUGUCUUGACAAUCUGUUUUCCUAUAAAAUGCCUAUGCAUAGGAAGUAUGUUAGACUUAGAUGUGAUUUUCCCAUGCUUUAUGAUGCUCUCGUUGUGCUUCAAUUCUUGUCUUUUGUGUGAGCAUCAUUGAAUUAUCAAUGCCUAGCUAAGGGCGUUAAGCAAUAGCUCUUGUUGGGAGGCAACCCAAUGAAUUUAUCUUUUUCUUUCUGUUUUGUGUUUUCCACACUUUCAUAAUUCUGUUAUGAUUGUGUUUUUUGUGUUUCUUUUGCGUUUGUGCCAAGUAAAACUGUUAUGAUUAGUCUUGGGGAUGAUCGUUUGGUCAUGCUGGAAAAGACAGAAACUUUCUGCUCACGAAAAGAAUUUUCAUUUUGUUUCUGUAAGAGCUUUUGAGUUGAUUCUUUUUGCUUCUGAUUUCUAUGCAAAUUCUUCAGACUGUCGUAAUUGGUCGGAAUUUUUGAAGUACCAGAAGUAUACGAAGUAUACAUAUUACUACAGACUGGUCUGCUGUUAAUAGAUUCUGUUUUUGUUGAGUUGGUCGAUUAUUUUGAUGAAACUAUGGAUAGUAUCGGGGGGGGGGGGGNNNNNNNNNNNNNNNNNNNNNNNNNNNNNNNNNNNNNNNNNNNNNNNNNNNNNNNNNNNNNNNNNNNNNNNNNNNNNNNNNNNNNNNNNNNNNNNNNNNNAAUUUAUUUUGCUCUAUGUGUUUCACUUCUAUCAUUUAGAGCACGGAAGCGCGUGGCGUGGUAGUUGAUCUAUGCUAUGAAAGUAGUCUCAAAAGGGGUAUUUAUCCAAAGGGAUAUGAAAACUUCCACCUUCAUGUGCAUUGAGUAGUUAGAGAAGUUUGAUUCAUCUCAAUCAGUUUUGAGUUGUGGUUGUGGUAAUAUUAAAGUUAUAUUAGUAAGGUGUAGUGGAUCUAGAAAUACUUGUGUUGAAGUUAGUGAUUCCGGUAGCAUGCACGUAUGGUGAACCGCUAUGUGAUGAAGUCUGAGCAUGAUUAGUAUAUUGAUUGUCAUCCUUUGUGUGGUGGUCGGGAUCACGCGAUGGUUUAUACCUACCAACCCUUCCCCUAGGAGUAUGCGUUGAAUGCUUUGUUUCGAUUACUAGUAGAACUUUUGCAACAAGUAUAUGAGUUCUUCAUGACUAAUGUUGCGUCCAUGGUCUAGAUGCACUUUCAGCUUCCGCCAUCACUAUCUUCUUUAGUGCCGUGCAACUUUCGCCUGUGCAUAAAACCCACCAUUAGCCUCCCUCAAAACAACCACCAUACCUACCUACUAUGGCUUUUUCAAAGCCAUUCCGAGAUAUAUUGCCAUGCAACUACCACCAUGACAUGUGCCACCACUUCUACAUUUCCAUUGCAUGAUCAUAAGAUAGCUAGCAUGAUGUUUCCAUUGAUGUCUNNNNNNNNNNUUUUUUCAAAGCCAUUCCGAGAUAUAUUGCCAUGAAACUACCACCAUGACAUGUGCCACCACUUCUACAUUGCCAUUGCAUGAUCAUAAGAUAGCUAGCAUGAUGUUUCCAUUGAUGUCUAUGCCAUGCUAGAUCAUUGUCACGGUACACUACCGAAUGCAUUCCAUAUAGAGUCAUCAUUGCUCUAAGUUUUGAGUUGUAAGUGUGAUGAUCAUCAUUGAUGGAGCAUUGUCCCCUGUGAGGACAUAAAAGAGGCCAAAGAUGCCCACCAAAAAAAAGAGGCCAAAGAGCCCACCAAAAAAAUGAGAGAAAAAGAGAGAAUGGACAAUGCUACUAUCUUUCCACACUUGUGCUUAUUAAGCACCAUGAUUUUCAUGAUUGAGAGUCUCUCGUUUUGUCACCACCGUAUAGCUAGUGGGAAAUUUUUAUUAUAUAACUUGGCUUGUAUAUUCCAAUGAUAGGCUUCCUCAAAAUUGCCUUAGGUCUUCGUGAGCAAGCAAGUUGGAUGAACACCCGCUAGUUUUCUUUAAGAGCUUUAACAUACUCUUAGCUCUAGUGCAUCAUUUGUAUGGCAAUCCCUACACAUUCACAUUGAUAUCUACCGAUGAGCAUUUCCAUAGCUCAUUCAUAUGCCUAGUCAAUGUGAACAUCUUCUCCUUGUUUGCCUUGCAACCUCCACCACACUCCACUCCACUNNNNNNNNNNAUUGGCUUUAUAUAUACAUGCAGUAGGAUUUUAUCCUACUGUCUUACACUCAAAAGAAAGCAAGCAAGUUGGAUGCACACCCACUAGUUUUCUUUAAGAGCUUUCACAUAGUCUUAGCUCUAGUGCAUCAUUUGUAUGGCAAUCCCUACUCAUUCACAUUGAUAUCUAUUGAUGAGCAUUUCCAUAGCUCAUUGAUAUGCCUAGUCAAUGUGACCAUCUUCUCCUUGUUUGCCUUGCAACCUCCACCACACUCCACUCCACUUAUAGUGCUAAAACCAAGGCUCACGGUCAUGUAUUGCGUGAGAGUUGAAAAAGUUUGAGAAAGUAAAGGUGUGAAAACAAUUACUUGGCCAAUACCAAGGUUGUGCAUGAUUUAAAUUCGUUUUGCAAUGAUGAUAGAGCAUAGCCAGACUAUAUGAUUUUGUAGGGAUAACUUUCUUUUGUCCUUGUUAUUUUGAAACUUCAUGAUUACCUUGCUAGUUUGCUUGAAGUAUUAUUGUCUCCACGUCNNNNNNNNNNGAGGUUGUGCAUGAUUUAAAUUCGUUGUGCAAGGAUGAUAAAGCAUAGCCAGACUAUAUGAUUUUGUAGGGAUAACUUUCUUUUGGCCUUGUUAUUUCGAAAGUUCAUGAUUACCUUGCUAGUUUGCUUGAAGUAUUAUUGUCUCCACGUCAAUAGAAAACUAUUGUUUUGAAUCUAAUGGAUCUGAACAUUCACGUCACAUAAGAGGAGUUACAAAGGACAUCUAUGCUAGGUAGCAUGAAAGCAUCAAAAAUUCAUUCUUUAUCACACUUCCCUACUCGAAGACGAGCAGGAGUUAAGCUUGGGGAUGUUUGAUACGUCUCAAACGUAUCUAUAAUUUUUGAUGGUUUCAUGCUGUUAUCUUGUCAACUUUGGAUGUUUUAUAUACCUUUUAUAUCUUUUUUGGGACUAACUUAUUAAUUCAGUGCCAAGUGCCAGUUCCUGUUNNNNNNNNNNUUGUGUGUUUUUGACUCUUUUCAGAUAUGAUUUUGGAACGGAGUCCAAACGGAAUAAAAUCCCCGAAAUAAUUUUUCCAGAACAAAAGAAGAUCGGGGGACUUUAGGGCCAAGGCAGGAGGCCCACAAGCCCUGACGCCGCGGCCAGGGGGGCCCGCGGCGACUAGGCUUGUGGCCUCCCUGGCUCUCCCCUGCCCUAUCUCUUUCGCCUAUAUAUUCCCUAAAAUCCCAGAAAAAAUCAGGGCAUCCACGAAAACACUUUUCUGCCGCCGCAAGCUUCCGUUUCCGCGAGAUCCCAUCUGGAGACCCUUCCCGGUGCCCUGCCGGAGGGGAGUUUGGAGUUGGAGGGUUUCUACAUCAAGAUCAUCGCCUCUCUAAUGACUCGUGAGUAGUCCACUUCAGACCUACGGGUCCAUAGUUAGUAGCUAGAUGGCUUCUUCUCUCUCUUGGAUCUUCAAUACAAUGUUCUCCAUGAUCUUCAUGGAGAUCUAUCCGAUGUAAUCCUCUUUGGCGGUGUGUUUGUCGAGAUCCGAUGAAUUGUGGAUUUGUGAUUAGAUUAUCUAUGAAUUAUAUUUGAGUCUUUCCUGAUUUCUUAUAUGCAUGAUUUGAUAUCCUUGUAAGUCUUUCCGAGUCUUGGGUUUUGUUUGGCCAACUAGAUAUAUGAUUCUUGCAAUGGGAGAAGUGCUUGGUUUUGGGUUCAUACCGUGAGGUGACCUUUCCCAGUGACAAAAGGGGCAGCAAGGCACACAUCAUGUUGUUUCCAUCAAGGGUAACAAGAUGGGCUUUCAUCAUAGAUUUGAGAUUGUUCAUAUACAUCAUGUCAUCUUGCUUAAGGCGUUACUCUGUUCUUAUGAACUCAAUACACUAGAUGCAUGCUGGAUAGCGGUCGACGUGUGGAGUAAUAGUAGUAUGCAUAAAGUAUCGGUCUACUUGUUUUGGACAUGAUGCCUAUAGAUAUGAUCAUUGCCAUAGAUAACGUCAUGACUUUGCGCGGUUCUAUAAAUUGCUCGACAGUAAUUCGUUCACCCACCGUCUACUUGCUUUCAUGAGAGAAGCCACUAGUGAACACUACAGCCCCCGGGUCUAUUCACAACUAUCGUUUCCACUUUUACUUUUACUUUGGUUUGUUUACUUUUUGCUUUCAGUUCUCACUUUGCAAACAAUCUAUAAGNNNNNNNNNNNNNNNNNNNNNNNNNNNNNNNNNNNNNNNNNNNNNNNNNNNNNNNNNNNNNNNNNNNNNNNNNNNNNNNNNNNNNNNNNNNNNNNNNNNNGACGCCCCCUGCGGCGAGCCCCCAGCCGCGCGCCCCCUGCCGCCGCCGCCCCCUGCCGGUGAGUUUUUCCUGUUUUUCUUUUUAAAAAAGUUAAUUACUUUAGUUAGUUUAUUAGGUUAGUUUUUUAUUAUAUAUAGGGUAAUUUAGUUAGUUUAUUUGGUUAGAUUAUUAGGCUAAUUAGGUUAGUUAGUUAGGUUAGAAGAAGAAAAAGCAGAAGGAAAAAAAGCAGGAGAAGAAGAAGAAGAAGAAGAAGAAGAAGAGGAGGAGGAGGAGGAGAAAGAAGAAGAAGAAGAAGAAGAAGAAGAGGAGAGGAGGAGGAGGAGAAAGAGGAGGAGAAAGAAGAAGAAGAAGAAGAAGAAGAAGAAAAAGAAUAGAAGGAGAAAAAGAGGAGGGGGAGUAGGAGGAGAAAGAAGAAGAAGAAGAAGAAGAAGAAGAAGAAGAAGAAGAAGAAAAAGAGGAGAGAGGAGAAAAAGAAAGAAGAGGAAAAGGGAACCCCGGCACCCCGAAACUGACCCUCGACCCCCGACCCCUGACGCCCGACGCCACUGACCCCCGACCAUCGACCUCCGACGCCACUGACCCCCGACCCNNNNNNNNNNNNNNNNNNNNNNNNNNNNNNNNNNNNNNNNNNNNNNNNNNNNNNNNNNNNNNNNNNNNNNNNNNNNNNNNNNNNNNNNNNNNNNNNNNNNCUCCCCCCCUUUGCCAUGUGGGGGCAGACGGCAAAGAGGGGAGAGAGAAGGGGCAGAUUCUCUCUUUGCCGUCUGCCUCCCCCCUUUGCCAUGUGGGGGCAGACGGCAAAGAGGGGAGAGAGAGGGGGCAGAUUCUCUCUUUGCCGUCUGCCUCCCCCCCUUUGCCAUGUGGGGGCAGACGGCAAAAAGGGGAGAGAGAGGGGGCAGAUUCCCCCUUUGCCGUCUGCCUCCACCCCUUUGCCAUGUGUUGGCAGACGGCAAAGAGGGGAACCAUCCCCUUUUUUAUUUAUUUUUUGUUAUAUCCAGCAUUUUUAACAAUAAUCAGGAUAUAUAUAUAUAUUUGACAUAAAUAAAUUUCUUUUCGUACCCAUAACCAUAUUAAAAUAACUCUCAUCCAUAGUGCAUACAUAUUAUGGAAGUUACAUUCGUACCAAACCUAAUAUUACACCAGUUUCAUCCACGUGCAUACAAAGUUUCAUAUAUUCAUAUACUACAACAGUUUCAAUACAACCCAUGGUACAAGAAAUCAUCUUCAAGCAUUCCAUCAACCAAGCUUCCCGUGAAGUGAAGGUAAUCUGCAAAAUGACAAAUAAGAAAGUUAGAAAAAUAAUACUAGAUGAAGUAGUGUAUAUAUAGGUUAUUUCGGAGAGAAAUUAGCUAAUUAUAGACCAUUUAGGAGCUAACUAAGCUAAUUAUGUCAUUUAGGUGGAACCCUAGCUAACUAUAGGAGAAGAGAAAGAGAAGAAGAAGUAAAAGAAGAAGGAGGAGGAGGAGAAGGAGAAGGAAGAGGAGAAGAAGAAGAAAAAGGAGGAGGAGGAGGAGGAGGAGAAGGAGAAGGAAGAGGAGAAGAAGAAGAAGGAGAAGAAGGAGAAGAAGAAGGAGAAGAAGGAGAAGAAGAAGGAGAAGGAGCUCCCGCUCCUUCUCCUUCUUCUUCUCCUUCUUCUCCUUCUUCUUCUCCUUCUUCUUCUUAUCCUUUUGUCCCCUUCUUCUUAUCCUCCUCCCUCUCCUCCUUCUUCUUCUCCUUUUUCCUCUUCCUUCCUNNNNNNNNNNNNNNNNNNNNNNNNNNNNNNNNNNNNNNNNNNNNNNNNNNNNNNNNNNNNNNNNNNNNNNNNNNNNNNNNNNNNNNNNNNNNNNNNNNNNUGUUAUUUCAAAUCUUGCAUUUGAAUGUCCGUUUCAUUAAUAAAUAAAAAGUUUGACUUGUCGAAACCAAAUGUACAGUCUAUGUGCGAGAAGAACGGCCAAGUCCCUCCGCCGAUGCCAGUCAUUAACGUGGCGGGGACGGUGAGUUUCAUUUCAGUGGAGUGAUCUUAAGAGUGUCCUCAUGCUAACUACACAUUGCAAACGAUGUUUGGUGCAGAAUAUGUCCCGAAACGCAUCGCAUGACCCUUCUACAGUCGAGCCUUCUCCAGGGCAGCCUUCUCCAGGUGAAACAAGCCAGAGCCACCGUGCUUCACCCUAACUUAGGUAUGUUAUUUCUAGUGUUUUAAUAAAAAAUAGCUAGACUUCCAUCUAAUGACAUAAUUAGCUUAGUUAGCCCCAAAAUAGCUAGACUUCCAUCUAAUAACAUAAUUGGCUUAGUUAACUCCAAAAUGGCCUAUUUAAUAAAAAAUGACCUAUACUUAGCUAAUUAUCCUCGAAAUGACAUAAUUAGCUCCAAAAAGGCAUUCUUAGCCAAUUUAGCCCGAAGAAGGGGACAAGAAGAGAAAAAGAGGAAAAAUGAAAGGAGGGAAGAGGAAAAAUAAGGAGAAGAAGGAGGACAGGGAGGAGGAGAAGAAGAAGGAGAAGAAGGAGAAGAAGGAGGAGAAGGAGAAGGAGCUCCUCCUACUCCUUCUUCUUCCUCCUUCUCCUUCUCCUUCUUCUUCUCCUUCUCCUUCUUCUUUUCUUCUUCUUCUCCUCUUCCUUCUUCUCCUCCUCCUCCUCCUCCUCCUCCUCCUCCUUAUUUUACUUCUUCCUCUCUAUCUCUUCUUCUACGUAGCUUAGACUCAUCCAAGAAAGGCUAAAUUAGCCAAUUGUCCUACGAAAUGACAUAAUUAGCUUAGUUAGCUCCAAAAUGUCCUAUUUAAUAAAAAAUGUCCUAUACUUAGCUAAUUAUCCUCGAAAUGACAUAAUUAGCUCCAAAAANNNNNNNNNNAUUUUCUUCUUCUUCUCCUUCUUCUUCUCCUCCUCCUCCUCCUCCUCCUCCUUAUUUUACUUCUUCUUNNNNNNNNNNNNNNNNNNNNNNNNNNNNNNNNNNNNNNNNNNNNNNNNNNNNNNNNNNNNNNNNNNNNNNNNNNNNNNNNNNNNNNNNNNNNNNNNNNNNCGGGGUAUGAAAGUAUAUGGGCAGAGCCUUAGCUACGGCGAGGAUAUAUGAGUUCAGGCCCCUCUACGGUGGAGGUAAAAGCCCUACGUCUCAGUGCUCUUGGGAGCUUUGUGUCGAGUGUAUUAAGGGAUUACAGCAAGUGCCAACCCUUUUAGCAGUGGUGAAGGGCGGCUUAUAUAGAGUGCGCUGCCCUUCAUAAUGGUCCGGUGGACAGGGGUGGAGUAGUGGAGAGUAAAGGCUAGCGUUACUGGUAACGUAAGCCUUAAAUGCUAGUUAUGGUGUAUGAAAACGUAUGACCGUUGCCCUCCUGGGAGGUUAUGCCGAACANGUGAAGUUGAGUCUAUCACACCCGAUUAUCACCUGUUGUCUCAAAACGACGAACUGCCGCAACGGCGCACAGUCGGGGAGAACACAACUUUAUCUUGAAAUUUUAGUAAGAGAUCACCUUAUAAUGGUACCGUCGUUUUAAGAAAAAUAAGGUGCAUAAAAGGAUUAACAUCACAUGCAAAUCAUAAGUGACAUGAUAUGGCCAUAAACUUGUGCUUCUUGAUCUCCAUCAGCAAAGCACCGGCAUGAUCUCCAUCGUCACCGGCGCCACACCAUGAUCUCCAUCAUCGUACUGCCAUCGAGGUUGUCGCGCUAACUAUGCUUUUACUAAUAAAGCUACUACUAGCGAUAAAGCAAAGCAUCACCAAGGGCAAAAAUAAUUAAAGACAACCCUAUGGCUCCUGCCGGUUGCCGUAGCAUCGACGUGCAAGUCGAUAUUUAACUACUACAACAUGAUCAUCUCAUACAUCCAAUAUAUCAUAUCAUGUAUUUGGCCAUAUCAUAUCACAUGCAUACCGUGUAAAAACGAGUUAGACGUCCUCUAAUUUGUUGUUGCAAAUUUUACGUGGUUGCUAUGGGUAUCUAUUAUGAUCGCAUCUUACUUACGCAAAGCCACAACGCUGAUAUGCAAAUUGCUAUUUAAUCUUCUCCAAGGAACACCUUGGUCAAAUCCGAUUCAACUAAAGUUGAAGAAACAAACACCCUCCAGUCAACUUUAUGCAACAAGUUGCAUGUUAGUCGAUGAAGCCGGUCUCUCGUAAGCGUACGAGUAAUGUUGGUCCGGUCGCUUCGAUCCAACAAUACCGCUGAAUCAAGAAAAGACUAAGGAGGGCAGCAAAUUGAACAUCAACGCCCACAAACUCUUUUAUGUUCUACUCGAGAUAUCAUCUACGCAUGAACCUAGCUCAUGAUGCCACUUUUGGGGAACGUUUCAUGGGAAACAAAAAAUUUCCUACACAUACGAAAGACCUAUCAUGGUGAUUAUCAUCUACGAGAGGGGAGAUCGGAUCCACAUACCCUUGUAGAUCGCUAAGUGGGAAGCGUUAAGAAACGUGGUUGAUGUAGUCGAACAUCUUCGCUAUCCAAUCACGAUCCAUCCCACGAACUGCGUCCCGAUCUAGUACUGAACGGACGACACCUCCGCGUUCAGCACACGUACAACUUGAUGACAAUCUGCGCCUUCUUGAUCCAACAAGAGAGACAAAGAAGUAGCUGAAUUCUCUGACAACACGAUGGCACGGCAGUGAUGGUGGUGGAGCUACUCCGGUAGGGCUUCACCGUGUCGUACUUAACUAGCUACGGGGUGUCACGAAGUAGUGGAGGGAGAGAGGGCUGCACAAAGACUUGGGGUGCAAAAACCCUCUCAAACCUCCACUAUAUAUAGGAGGAACAAGUGAGAGGGUGGCUUGCCUCCUACUCCAAGUAGGAGGGUUUGGACGAGCCCAAGAGGGAGGAGUCCUCCACCAAUUCGGUUUGGUGGAGGACUCCUUCCCAUCUUGUCCACCUCCUUCCUUUUAUUUUCUUUUUUACUUCUUAUUAUUGCUUUUAGCCAUUAUAGGCUUAUUGGGCUGGCCUCAACAGCCCACUAAAGGCUGGGGCGCCACCCAUGGGCCUAUUAGGUCCUAUCCCGAGUGGGUGGCCCCUCCCGGUAAAACCCCAGAACCAGUUCGUCUCUCUCGGUACUUUAGCGGUAAUGCCCGAAAUCUUUCCGAAAGCCUAUAUAUCAAUUGUUGUUUCCGGACCAUUCCGGAGACCCUCGUGACGUCCGAGAUCUCAUCUGGGACUCCAAACAACAAUCGGUUACCAACAUCAAUAAUUCAACAAUACCAAAACGUCACCGAACCUUAAGUUUGCACACCCUGCGGGUUCGAGAACUGUGUAGACUUGAUCGAGACACUCUCCAGCCAAUAUCCAAUAGCGGGACCUGGAUGCCCAUAUUUGAUCCUACAUAUUCUACGAAGAUCUUAUCGGUCCAACCUCUAUGUCAAUGAUUCAGUUAAUCCCGUGUAAUGUUCCCUUUGUCCUUCGGUAUGUUACUUGCCCGGGAAUCGAUCGUCGGUAUCUCUAUACCUAGUUCAAUCCCAUUAAUGGCAAAUCUCUUUACUCGUUCCGUAAUACAGUAUCCCGUGGCUAACUCUUUAUUCACAUUUCUUGCAAGGCUUAUUGUGAUGUUGUAGUACUAAGUGGGCCCCGAGAUACCUCUGCAUCAGAAGGAGUGAUAAAUCCCAGUCUUGAUGCACGCCAACCCAACAUACACUUUCGGAGAUACCUGUAGAGCACCUUUAUAGUCAUCCAGUUACGUUGCGACAUUUAAUACACACAAGAUAUUCCUCCGUUGUUCGGGAGUUGCAUGAUCUCAUAGUCAUAGGAAUAGAUACUUGACACACAGAAAACAAUAGCAACAAAAUGACACAAUCACAUGCUAUGUUUAUAGUUUGGGUCUUGUCCAUCACAUCAUUCCCCCAAUGAUGUGAUCUCGUUAUCCAUUGACAACACUUGUCUAUGGCUAGGAAACCUUAACCAUCUUUGAUCAAUGAGCUAGUCAACUAGAGGUUUACUAGGGACAAUAUUUCGUCUAUGUAUCUACACAUGUAUCUGUGUUUCCAUUCAAUACAAUUCUAGCACUGGAAACAGGAAAUAUAAUAAUAACUAAUUUAUAAUUGCCUCUAGGUCAUAUUUCCAAGAGAGGAAGCUCCACCAUCCAACAAGAAGAAGCUCUCAUGAGUUCGAGAAAAGAGUGGACAAGGAUUAUCCGCUGAAUCAAAUCUUCGUUGACAUACAAACUGGGAGAAUUACUCACUCUAAAACUUGUUUAGGUAACUUUUGGAGCAUUACUCAUUAUCUCUGGCAUAGAGCCUAUGAAGGUACAAGAAUCCCUUCAAGACCCAUAUUGGGUGAAUGCGAUGCAUGGAGUGUUACACAGAUUCACGAGGAAUGACGUUUUUACACUUGUGGAAAAGCCCAAGGACGAGAAAAGCGUCAUUGGUACAAAAUGGGUAUUUGGCAACAAGCAAGAUGAACAUGGUCAAUUUGUACGCAACAAGGCGUGUCUCAUAGCCCAAGGAUACACGCAAGUUGAUACGUCUCAAACGUAUCUAUAAUUUUUGAUGGUUUCAUGUUGUUAUCUUGUCAACUUUGGAUGUUUUAUAUACCUUUUAGAUCUUUUUUGGGACUAACUUAUUAAUUCAGUGCCAAGUGCGAGUUCCUGUUUUUUCUGUGUUUUUGACUCUUUUCAGAUCUGAUUUUGGAACGGAGUCCAAACGAAAUAAAAUCCCCGAAAUAAAUUUUGAGGGCCAAGGCAGGAGCCCCAUAGGGAGCCCACAAGCCGUGACGCUGCGGCCAGGGGGGCCGCGGCGACCAGGCUUCUGGCCUCCCUGGCGCUCCCCUGCCCGAGCUCUUUCGCCUAUAUAUUCCCUAAAAUCCCAGAAAAAAUCAGGGCAUCCACGAAAACACUUUUCCGCCGCCGCAAGCUUCCGUUUCCGCGAGAUCUCAUCUGGAGACCCUUCCCAGUGCCCUGCCGGAGGGGACUUUGGAGUUGGAGGGCUUCUACAUCAACAUCAUCGCCUCUCCAAUGACUCGUGAGUAGUCCACUUCAGACCUACGGGUCCGUAGUUAGUAGCUAGAUGGCUUCUUCUCUCUCUUGGAUCUACAAUACAAUGUUUUCCAUGAUCUUCAUGGAGAUCUAUCCGAUGUAAUCCUCUUUGGCGGUGUGUUUGUCGAGAUCCGAUAAAUUGUGGAUUUGUGGUCAGAUUAUCUAUGAAUUAUAUUUGAGUCUUUGCUGAUUUCUUAUAUGCAUGAUUUGAUAUCCUUGUAAGUCUCUCCGAGUCUUGGGUUUUGUUUGGCCAACUAGAUCUAUGAUUCUUGCAAUGGGAGAAGUGCUUGGUUUUGGGUUCAUACCGUGAGGUGACCUUUCCCAGUGAUAGAAGGGGCAGCAAGGCACGCAUCGUGUUGUUGCCAUCAAGGGUAACAAGAUGGGAUUUUAGCAUAGAUUUGAGAUUGUUCAUCUACAUCAUGUCAUCUUGCUUAGAUGCAUGCUGGAUAGCGGUCGACGUGUGGAGUAAUAGUAGUAGAUAAAGAAAGUAUCGGUCUACUUGUUUUGGACGUGAUGCCUAUAGAUAUGAUCAUUGCCAUAGAUAACGUCAUGACUUUGCACGGUUCUAUCAAUUGCUUGACAGUAAUUCGUUGACCCACCGUCUACUUGCUUUCAUGAGAGAAGCCACUGGUGAACACUACGGCCCCCGGGUCUAUUCACAACUAUCGCUUCCACUUUUACUUUUACUUUGCUUUGUUUACUUUUUGCUUUCAGUUCUCACUUUGCAAACAAUCUAUAAGGGAUUGACAACCCCUUCAUAGCAUUGGGUGCAAGCUCUUUGUGUUUGUGCAGGUACUUGUGACUUGACGCGAUCCUCCUACUAGAUUGAUACCUUGGUUCUCAAACUGAGGGAAAUACUUACCGUCGCUGUGCUACAUCACCCUUUCCUCUUCAAGGGAACACCAACGCAAGGCUCCAAGGCCGCGGGGGAAUCCUUUGCAUAUUUGCCAAGGAAGUUCCUAUAGGCAUAGCCCGUAGCAGAAGGAUUCCUGGCGCUGUUGCCAGGGAGGGUCUUUUGUUGCCGUAGCAGAAGUAUUUCUGGAGCCGUUGACGGGGAGGAUCGCUUGCCAAGGAGUAUCAAGACAGGAAUAAUCUCCCAUCAACACACCUAUUUCUGGCGCCGUUGCCGGGGAGAGAUCAAGUCAAGAUCUAUCCAAGUAGGUGUCACAAACUCAUCUCUUGCAUUUACCUUUUUUCCCAGUUGCCUCUCGUUUUCCUCUCCCCCACUUCACAUUUGCCGUUUUCAUUCGCCUUUUUCGUUUGCCUUUUUGGUUCACCCUUUUCUCUCGCUUGCUUUCUGUUCGCUUGUGUGCCAUGUGCCUUCAAUAUGUUUGCAUCUUCGCUUGCUGAAAAUCUAGUGAUAUGGAUCCUCAUCCACUUGCUAAUCUCUUUAAGAGAUCCAAUUAUGUUGAUCCAAUUGCUAGUGAGUUGAGUGCACUUAUGUAUCUUUAUGGAGUUUUGCUUGAGAUGCGUGAAUCUGAAAAUUGUGAGGAAGAAAUUUAUGAAGUGAUUGACGAGGGCUCCUUGGAUGAAAAGCAUGAUUGCAAUGGUUUCACUAUAAAUUCUAUUAGUGACAAUCAUGCUAAGAAUAUGGAAAACCCUAAGCUUGCAGAUGCUAGUUUUGCUAUGUCCCCUACUUGUUGCAAUGAUCAUGAGUGGGGCGAUGAUUUUUCUUAUGAUCUUGAAAAUUUGUUUAAGCCUCAUGAUGAAUAUGAUAUUUGCAAUAUCAUUGAAAGUGGGUUUGGAGAAAUCAUGACUUUAGUUGAUGAUAAUCCGACUAUUUUUGAAGAGCGUCAACUUUGCAUGCAUGUGGAUCAUGAAAAGAAUAUCCUAUGUGAUAGUUACAUUGUUUAAUUCGAAUAUGAUCCCACAUGUAAUUACUAUGAGAGAGGAAAAUAUUGUGGUAGAAACUUUCAUGUUACCAAAUUACCUCUCGUUAUGUGGAGAUUGCUAUUGUCUCUUUCUUCUUCCUUGCAUACGGUAACUAUUGGUUGUCUUGACAAUCUGUUUUCCUAUAAAAUGCCUAUGCAUAGGAAGUAUGUUAGACUUACAUGUGAUUUUCACAUGCUUUAUGAUGCUCUCGUUGUGCUUCAAUUCUUGUCUUUUGUGUGAGCAUCAUUGAAUUAUCAAUGCCUAGCUAAGGGCGUUAAACAAUAGCGCUUGUUGGGAGGCAACCCAAUGAAUUUAUCUUUUUCUUUCUGUUUAGUGUUUUCCAUACUUUCAUAAUUCUGUUAUGAUUGUGUUUUUUGUGUUUCUUUUUCCUUUGUGCCAAGUGAAACCGUUAUGAUUAGUCUUGGGGAUGAUCGUUUGGUCAUGCUGGAAAAGACAGAAACUUUCUGCUCACGAAAAGAAUUUUCAUUUUUUCUGUAAGAGCUUUUGAGUUGACUAUUUUUUCUUCUGAUUGUUACGCAAAUUCUAUAGAUUGUCGUAAUUAUUCAAAAAAUUUCAAGUACCAGAAGUAUACGAAGUAUAUAGAUUACUAUAGACUGGUCUGUUGUUAACAGAUUCUGUUUUUGUUGAGUUGGUUGCUUAUUUUGAUGAAACUAUGGAUAGUAUGGGGGGUAUUAGCCAUGGAAGAUUGAAAAUACAGUAACCCAACAUCAAGAUAAGUAGAAUUUAAGUUUUCUACAGUACCUAAGGAAGUGGUGGUUUGCUUUCUUAUACUAAUGAUAUCACGAGUUUCUGUUUAAGUUUUGUGUUGUGAAGUUUUGAAGUUUUGGGUGAACUUCUUAUGGACAAAGAGAUAAAGAGUGGCAAGAGAUCAAGCUUGGGGAUGCCCAAGGCACCCCAAGUUAAUUCAAGGAUGCCGAAAAAGUUUAAUCUUGGGAUGCCCCGGGAAGGCAUCCCCUCUUUCGUCUUCAAUCCAUCGGUAACCACUACAGGAAUCAGCUUCUUUGCCGUCUGCCAUCACAGACGGCAAAGGCAAUAUCCCGGACGGCAAAGACAAUAUCACAAACGACAAAGAUUCUCACGGGUGGCAAAAUUUCUGCGUCAGCCUACGACGGCAUAGGACCUUCUUUGCCGUCUGCCCCCCCAAAGCGGACGGCAAAGCUCUUUGCCGUCAGCUUUCCUUAGGAGCAGUCGGCAAAGUGUUCGAGACGGCAGCCGACAGGAGUUGCCUCCGUUAGGGGUUAACGGAGGCUUUGCCGUCUACCUCCCCCUCCAGCUUUGCCGUCUGCCUCCCCAUCCAUCUUUUCCAUCUGCCUUCUCUUCCCCUCCCCUCUCCUUUACCUCCAUCUUUGUCGUCUGCCUCCCCGUCCAUCUUUGCCGUCUGCCUGCUCCUCCCCUCCCCCCUCUCUCCACUCUUUGUCGUCUGCCUCCUCCUCCCCCCCUCCUCUGUUCCCUCGUCUUUGCCGUCUGCCCACCCUGGAGGCUGACGGCAAAGAGACUACAUAGACUCCCCAGGAUGCACAGCUGGGUGCCAUGUGGCACCUUUGCCGUCUGCCAGCUGAUGGCACAGGUCGUUGCCAUCAGCUGGCAGACGGCAAAGAGCCCAUAUAGUUCCUGUUUUUUUGUUUUAUAUUGUUUCACAACACACACACACNNNNNNNNNNNNNNNNNNNNNNNNNNNNNNNNNNNNNNNNNNNNNNNNNNNNNNNNNNNNNNNNNNNNNNNNNNNNNNNNNNNNNNNNNNNNNNNNNNNNAAGGUUCUUAUGCCAUUUUGAGCUUAUUAUGGUAUUUUCGAGGUAAAUGGGCUCAUUAUGUCAUUGUUGGGUUAAUUAAAGCAAGGAUAAUAUGAAAGAGGAGAAGAAAGAGGAGNNNNNNNNNNNNNNNNNNNNNNNNNNNNNNNNNNNNNNNNNNNNNNNNNNNNNNNNNNNNNNNNNNNNNNNNNNNNNNUUCUCCUCUUCUCCUCUUGUUGGAGCUAAAUUACCUAAUUAUGUCUUUUUUGAGCUAAAUGGGCUAAUUAUCCCAUUUUAGAGGAAAACAAGCUAAGUAUAUAAUAUUAAUGAGCUAACCAAGGUUCUUAUGCCAUUUUGAGCUUAUUAUAGUAUUUUGGAGCUAAAUGGGCUAAUUAUGUCAUUGUUGGGUUAAUUACCCUGGUGCAUGGACAUGCACCUACCACGCAAAGUUCGCAGGUCCAGAAGUUGCCCUUUUGGUCCAGAGGACUUUCCACGUUACCUAUACUACUUUUCAGGUUAUAUAAAACUUUUCAAUAUUUUCUACGUUUGAGGAUGGCAAUAUUAUUUAAGUUGUCCUGUUUUGCUCCACUACCAAUAAAUAUAGACGAUACAUUAUUUUGACAGACUUGAUUUCCACAAAAGAACAUGUGAUCUUCUUUGAAGUAGUCUUGAACCUAAGCAAUAAUGAUGGGCGAAUAAACUAACAGAAUCUACCACUAAAUCUACUAAUUAACUAACAGAAUCUACCACUAAANNNNNNNNNNNNNNNNNNNNNNNNNNNNNNNNNNNNNNNNNNNNNNNNNNNNNNNNNNNUUUUUUUUUCAAGCAGAAGACGGCAUACGAGAUGAGUCGUUGCGGUCUGCCUUGCCAGCCCGCUCAGAGAUGUGUAUAAGAGACAGCGGCACCAGUGGUGCCGGAGGGUUGUGGGGAACCGGGGGCGCCGGGGGUGGCCGGGCGACGGUGGCGGCGUUGGGUGUCGGGGGAGGAGAGAGAGAGAGUGGCCGUUUGAGAGAGAGAGAGGGCCGGGGUGGGGGCGGGACGGCCGUUUGAGUAGAUUCAGGACCUUUGUCGUCUGCUGGCGGACGGCAAAGGGGUCUAUACUCUUUGACGUCUGCCUCUGGCAUCUUUGCCGUCCGCCAGCAGACGACAAAGAAGGGCGUUGGUUGACCUAAGGUUCCCCGGGCCGAAUGAGCUUCUUUGCCGUCUCCUGUCCCCUUCUUUGUCGUUUGCGGCAGACAACAAAGGAUUGACUGUUGGCAAAGACCUUCUUUGCCAUCAUCCAGUUCUUUGCCAUCUGCUUUCUGAGAGCUGACGGCAAAGACACUCUUUGCCAUCAGCUAGCUGACAGCAAAGAUUAGGCACACGGCAAAAAACUGAUUUCCAGUAAUGAACGUUACUUGGGGGCUAUAUUUUAUUCACCACAUGUUAUGUGUUUUGCUUGGAGCGUCUUGUAUCGUAGGAGUCUUUUAUUUUUGUUGUGCCACAAUCUUCCUUGUUGCACACCUAGAGAGAGAGAAAUGCACUCACCGUGAUUUUGUCGAGCUUCACUUAUAUCCUUUGGUUAGACAAUUCAGCUCACAUGUGUUUCACUUAUAUCCUUUGGUUAGACAAUUCAGCUCACAUGUGUUUCACUUAUAUCUUUUGAGCUAAUUUAUUUUGCUCUAUGUGUUUCACUUCUAUCAUUUAGAGCACGGAAGCGCGUGGCGUGGUAGUUGAUCUAUGCUAUGAAAGUAGUCUCAAAAGGGGUAUUUAUCCAAAGGGAUAUGAAAACUUCCACCUUCAUGUGCAUUGAGUAGUUAGAGAAGUUUGAUUCAUCUCAAUCAGUUUUGAGUUGUGGUUGUGGUAAUAUUAAAGUUAUAUUAGUAAGGUGUUGUGGAUCUAGACAUACUUGAGUUGAAGUUAGUGAUUCCCGUAGCAUCCACGUAUGGUGAACCUCUAUGUGAUGAAGUCUGAGCAUGAUUAGUAUAUUGAUUGUCAUCCUUUGUGUGGCGGUCGGGAUCGCGCGAUGGUUUAUACCUACCAACCCUUCCCCUAGGAGUAUGCGUUGAAUGCUUUGUUUCGAUUACUACUAAAUUUUUUGCAACAAGUAUAUGAGUUCUUCAUGACUAAUGUUGAGUCCAUGGUUUAGAUGCACUUUCACCUUCCACCAUCACUAUCUUCUUUAGUGCCGUGCAACUUUCGUCGGUGCAUAAAACCCACCAUUAGCCUCCCUCAAAACAACCACCAUACCUACCUACUAUGGCUUUUUCAAAGCCAUUCCGAGAUAUAUUGCCAUGCAACUACCACCAUGACAUGUGCCACCACUUCUACAUUUCCAUUGCAUGAUCAUAAGAUAGCUAGCAUGAUGUUUCCAUUGAUGUCUAUGAUGUUUCCAUUGAUGUCUAUGCCAUGCUAGAUCAUUGUCACGGUACACUACCGAAUGCAUUCCAUAUAGAGUCAUCAUUGCUCUAAGUUUUGAGUUGUAAGUGUGAUGAUCAUCAUUGAUGGAGCAUUGUCCCCUGUGAGGACAUAAAAGAGGCCAAAGAUGCCCACCAAAAAAAAGAGGCCAAAGAGCCCACCAAAAAAAUGAGAGAAAAAGAGAGAAUGGACAAUGCUACUAUCUUUCCACACUUGUGCUUAUUAAGCACCAUGAUUUUCAUGAUUGAGAGUCUCUCGUUUUGUCACCACCGUAUAGCUAGUGGGAAAUUUUUAUUAUAUAACUUGGCUUGUAUAUUCCAAUGAUAGGCUUCCUCAAAAUUGCCUUAGGUCUUCGUGAGCAAGCAAGUUGGAUGAACACCCGCUAGUUUUCUUUAAGAGCUUUAACAUACUCUUAGCUCUAGUGCAUCAUUUGUAUGGCAAUCCCUACACAUUCACAUUGAUAUCUACCGAUGAGCAUUUCCAUAGCUCAUUCAUAUGCCUAGUCAAUGUGAACAUCUUCUCCUUGUUUGCCUUGCAACCUCCACCACACUCCACUCCACUUAUAGUGCUAAAACCAAGGCUCACGGUCAUGUAUUGCGUGAGAGUUGAAAAAGUUUGAGAAAGUAAAGGUGUGAAAACAAUUACUUGGCCAAUACCGAGGUUGUGCAUGAUUUAAAUUCGUUGUGCAAGGAUGAUAAAGCAUAGCCAGACUAUAUGAUUUUGUAGGGAUAACUUUCUUUUGGCCUUGUUAUUUCGAAAGUUCAUGAUUACCUUGCUAGUUUGCUUGAAGUAUUAUUGUCUCCACGUCAAUAGCAAACUAUUAUUUUGAAUAUAAUGGAUCUGAACAUUCACGUCACAUAAGAGGAGUUACAAAGGACAUCUAUGCUAGGUAGCAUGAAAGCAUCAAAAAUUCAUUCUUUAUCACACUUCCCUACUCGAAGACGAGCAGGAGUUAAGCUUGGGGAUGUUUGAUACGUCUCAAACGUAUCUAUAAUUUUUGAUGGUUUCAUGCUGUUAUCUUGUCAACUUUGGAUGUUUUAUAUACCUUUUAUAUCUUUUUUGGGACUAACUUAUUAAUUCAGUGCCAAGUGCCAGUUCCUGUUUUUUUGUGUGUUUUUGACUCUUUUCAGAUAUGAUUUUGGAACGGAGUCCAAACGGAAUAAAAUCCCCGAAAUAAUUUUUCCAGAACAAAAGAAGAUCGGGGGACUUUAGGGCCAAGGCAGGAGGCCCACAAGCCCUGACGCCGCGGCCAGGGGGGCCCGCGGCGACUAGGCUUGUGGCCUCCCUGGCUCUCCCCUGCCCUAUCUCUUUCGCCUAUAUAUUCCCUAAAAUCCCAGAAAAAAUCAGGGCAUCCACGAAAACACUUUUCUGCCGCCGCAAGCUUCCGUUUCCGCGAGAUCCCAUCUGGAGACCCUUCCCGGUGCCCUGCCGGAGGGGAGUUUGGAGUUGGAGGGUUUCUACAUCAAGAUCAUCGCCUCUCUAAUGACUCGUGAGUAGUCCACUUCAGACCUACGGGUCCAUAGUUAGUAGCUAGAUGGCUUCUUCUCUCUCUUGGAUCUUCAAUACAAUGUUCUCCAUGAUCUUCAUGGAGAUCUAUCCGAUGUAAUCCUCUUUGGCGGUGUGUUUGUCGAGAUCCGAUGAAUUGUGGAUUUGUGAUUAGAUUAUCUAUGAAUUAUAUUUGAGUCUUUCCUGAUUUCUUAUAUGCAUGAUUUGAUAUCCUUGUAAGUCUUUCCGAGUCUUGGGUUUUGUUUGGCCAACUAGAUAUAUGAUUCUUGCAAUGGGAGAAGUGCUUGGUUUUGGGUUCAUACCGUGCGGUGACCUUUCCCAGUGACAAAAGGGGCAGCAAGGCACACAUCAUGUUGUUUCCAUCAAGGGUAACAAGAUGGGCUUUCAUCAUAGAUUUGAGAUUGUUCAUAUACAUCAUGUCAUCUUGCUUAAGGCGUUACUCUGUUCUUAUGAACUCAAUACACUAGAUGCAUGCUGGAUAGCGGUCGACGUGUGGAGUAAUAGUAGUAUGCAUAAAGUAUCGGUCUACUUGUUUUGGACAUGAUGCCUAUAGAUAUGAUCAUUGCCAUAGAUAACGUCAUGACUUUGCGCGGUUCUAUAAAUUGCUCGACAGUAAUUCGUUCACCCACCGUCUACUUGCUUUCAUGAGAGAAGCCACUAGUGAACACUACAGCCCCCGGGUCUAUUCACAACUAUCGUUUCCACUUUUACUUUUACUUUGGUUUGUUUACUUUUUGCUUUCAGUUCUCACUUUGCAAACAAUCUAUAAGGGAUUGACAACCCCUUCAUAGCAUUGGGUGCAAGCUCUUUGUGUUUGUGCAGGUACUUGUGACUUGACGCGAUCCUCCUACUGGAUUGAUACCUUGGUUCUGAAACUGAGGGAACUACUUACCGCCGCUGUGCUACAUCACCCUUUCCUCUUCAAGGGAACAACAACGCAAGGCUCCAAGGCCGCGGGGGAAUCCUUUGCAUAUUUGCCAAGGAAAUCCCUAGAGGCGUAGCCCGUAGUAGAAGGAUUCCUGGCGCCGUUGCCAGGGAAGGUCUAUUGUUGCCGUAGGAGAAGUAUUUCUGGCGCCGUUGCCGGGGAGGAUCGCUUGCCGAGGAGUAUCAAGACAAGAAUAAUCUCCCGUCAACACGCCUAUUUCUGGCGCCGUUGCCGGGGAGAGAUCAAGUCAAGAUCUAUCCAAGUAGGUGUCACAAACUCAUCUCUUGCAUUUACCUUUUUGCCAGUUGCCUCUCGUUUUCCUCUCCCCCACUUCACAUUUGCCGUUUUCAUUCGCCUUUUUCGUUUUCCUUUUUUUGUUUGCCUUUUUGGUUCGCCCUUUUCUCUCGCUUGCUUUCUGUUCGCUUGUGUGCCAUGUGCCUUCAAUAUGUUUGCAUCUUCGCUUGCUGAAAAUCUAGUGAUAUGGAUCCUCAUCCACUUGCUAAUCUCUUUAAGAGAUCCAAUUAUGUUGAUCCAAUUGCUAGUGAGUUGAGUGCACUUGAGUAUCUUUAUGGAGUUUUGCUUGAGAUGCGUGAAUCUGAAAAUUGUGAGGAAGAAAUUUAUGAAGUGAUUGACGAGGGCUCCUUGGAUGAAAAGCAUGAUUGGAAUGGUUUCACUAUAAAUUCUAUUAGUGACAAUCAUGCUAAGAAUAUGCAAAACCCUAAGCUUGCAGAUGCUAGUUUAGCUAUGUCCCCUACUUGUUGCAAUGAUCAUGAGUGGGGCGGUGAUUUUUCUUAUGAUCUUGAAAAUUUGUUUAAGCCUCAUGAUGAAUAUGAUAUUUGCAAUAUUAUUGAAAGUGGGUUUGGAGAAAUCAUGACAUUGGUUGAUGAUAAUCCCACUAUUUUUUAAGAGCGUGAACUUUGCAUGCAUGUGGGUCAUGAAAAGAAUAUCCUAUGUGAUAGUUACAUUGUUUAAUUCGAAUAUGAUCCCACAUGUAAUUACUAUGAGAGAGGAAAAUAUUGUGGUAGAAACUUUCAUGUUACCAAAUUACCUCUUGUUAUGUGGAGAUUGCUAUUGUCUCUUUCUUCUUCCUUGCAUAUGGUAACUAUUGGUUGUCUUGACAAUCUGUUUUCCUAUAAAAUGCCUAUGCAUAGGAAGUAUGUUAGACUUAGAUGUGAUUUUCCCAUGCUUUAUGAUGCUCUCGUUGUGCUUCAAUUCUUGUCUUUUGUGUGAGCAUCAUUGAAUUAUCAAUGCCUAGCUAAGGGCGUUAAGCAAUAGCUCUUGUUGGGAGGCAACCCAAUGAAUUUAUCUUUUUCUUUCUGUUUUGUGUUUCCCACACUUUCAUAAUUCUGUUAUGAUUGUGUUUUUUUUGUUUCUUUUUGCGUUUGUGCCAAGCAAAACCGUUAUGAUUAGUCUUGGGGAUGAUCGUUUGGCCAUGCUGGAAAAGACAGAAACUUUCUGCUCACGAAAAGAAUUUUCAUUUUUUGUCUGUAAGAGAUUUUGAGUUGAUUCUUUUUGCUGCUGAUUGCUACAGAAGUUCUUCAGACUGUCUUAAGUUUUCAGAAUUUUUGAAGUAACAGAGUUAUACGGAAUAUACAGAUUGCUACAGACUGGUCUGCUGUUAACAGAUUCUGUUUUUGUUGUGUUGGUUGCUUAUUUUGAUGAAACUAUGGAUAGUAUCGGGGGGUAUUAGCCAUGGAAGAUUGAAAAUACAGUAACCCAACAUCAACAUAACUAGAAUUUAAUUUUCCUAUAGUACCUAAGGAAGUGGUGGUUUGCUUUCUUAUACUAAUGAUAUCACGAGUUUCUGUUUAAGAUUCGUGUUGUGAAGUUUUCAAGUUUUGUGUGAAGUUCUUAUGGACAAAGAGAUAAAGAGUGGCAAGAGCUCAAGGUUGGCGAUGCCCAAGGCACCCCAAGUGGAUUCAAGGAUGCCAAAAAAGCCUAAGCUUGGGGAUGCCCCGGGAAGGCAUCCCCUCUUUCGUCUUCAAUCCAUCGGUAAUGUUACUUGGGGCUAUAUUUUUAUUCACCACAUGUUAUGUGUUUUGGUUGGAGCGUCUUGUACCGUAGGAGUCUUUUAUUUAUUUUGUUCCACAAUAUUCCUUGCUGCACACUUAGAGAGAGAGACAUGCGCUCACUGUGAUUUUGUCGAGCUUCACUUAUAUCCUUUGGUUAGACAAUUCAGCUCACAUGUGUUUCACUUAUAUCUUUUGAGCUUGUUGAUUUUUCUCUAUGUGUUUCACUUCUAUCUUUUAGAGCACGGAACCGCUUGGCGUGGUAGUUGAUCUAUGCUAUGAAAGUAGUCUCAAAAGGGGUAGUUAUACAAAGGAAUAUGAAAACUUCCACCUUCAUGUGCAUUGAGUAGUUAGAGAAGUUUGAUUCAUCUCAAUCAGUUUUGAGUUGUGGUUGUGGUAAUAUUAAAGUUAUAUUAGUAAGGUGUAGUGGAUCUAGAAAUACUUGUGUUGAAGUUAGUGAUUCCGGUAGCAUGCACGUAUGGUGAACCGCUAUGUGAUGAAGUCUGAGCAUGAUUAGUAUAUUGAUUGUCAUCCUUUGUGUGGUGGUCGGGAUCACGCGAUGGUUUAUACCUACCAACCCUUCCCCUAGGAGUAUGCGUUGAAUGCUUUGUUUCGAUUACUAGUAGAACUUUUGCAACAAGUAUAUGAGUUCUUCAUGACUAAUGUUGCGUCCAUGGUCUAGAUGCACUUUCAGCUUCCGCCAUCACUAUCUUCUUUAGUGCCGUGCAACUUUCGCCUGUGCAUAAAACCCACCAUUAGCCUCCCUCAAAACAACCACCAUACCUACCUACUAUGGUUUUUUCAAAGCCAUUCCGAGAUAUAUUGCCAUGAAACUACCACCAUGACAUGUGCCACCACUUCUACAUUGCCAUUGCAUGAUCAUAAGAUAGCUAGCAUGAUGUUUCCAUUGAUGUCUAUGCCAUGCUAGAUCAUUGUCACGGUACACUACCGAAGUCAUUCCAUAUAGAGUCAUCAUUGCUCUAAGUUUUGAGUUGUAAGUGUGAUGAUCAUCAUUGAUGGAUCAUUGUCCCAUGUGAGGAAAUAAAAGAGGCCAAAGAUGCCCACCAAAAAAAAGAGGCCAAAGAGCCCACCAAAAAAAUGAGAGAAAAAGAGAGAAGGGACAAUGCUACUAUCUUUCCACAAUUGUGAUUAUUAAGUACCAUGAUUUUCAUGAUUGAGAGUCUCUCGUUUUGUCACCACCAUAAAGCUAGUGGGAAAUUUUUAUUAUAUAACUUGGCUUGCAUAUUCAAAUGAUAGGCUUCCUCAAAAUUGCCUUAGGUCUUCGUGAGCAAGAAAGUUGGAUGAAGAUGGGGAGGAACCACCUCCUCCUAAUGGCAACCCACACCCUCAGUUUGGCCCUGAGCUCACUGGUGAGCAAUUGUACCAACAGCAAGUGCAUAACUGGCUAGUUCAAAAUGCAGCUCAACCUUAGGGGGCUCCUCCUGCUCAUGAAGCCCCAUAGCAACAGGAUCAGCACAAUGGAUGGGGAGUGUGGCCAGCCUCACCACCAUAGGCACCACAAUUACCUCCUUAUGUCUACAACUUUCAAGCUUGGCUUGCUGCCCAGGGACUACAAGUGCAAGAUGGCCUGCUUCCUGAAGAUAACAUCUCAGAUAGUGCUUCCCAAGCUUGGAAUGAUGCUAUAUCCAACUCCAACAACUCUGCUAGCACCAACCUAUCUGCUGGAUCUCUGAAUCCCCUGGUGAUACACUCUCAAACACAUCAGCUGCAACACUCUGAGGGUCUUUUGAGAAUCUCCCUGGAAGUUCACAAUAGUGGAAUUCGCUUUGGCUUAUCUGAACAUGGAGAAUCAGUGCUCACCCUGCUACUAACUGAUCCAGCUCCAAGACAGCAGCUAAAUGACUUCAUCUUUAGAGCCAUCAAACCUCUAAUGGCUUAUAGAGGCCCUUGGAAUGCUGAUUAUGGUUUCAAGCAUGAAUGCAUGCAGGUGGAAGUUGCAGUUGCUCUGCGUGAUGAUGGCAUAAUAUUUAGCAACACCUAUCCUACUCUCCCCAUGAGCACUACAUCAUCUACUGUUAUCAUAGAAGCACUAUCCCCUGAGCAGGCACUGGCUCCAACUAUUGAUCCUACGGAUCCAUUGGAAAUAGAAUGCAGCAUGGAUCAGGAACUACAAGUCAGCAAGAUUCCUCUGAAGCAGAAAGGCAAAAUGAAACUGCAAGUAGAUACUUCCAACCUUCGCCGCAGCCUGAGAUCAAACAAGUAUGAUGGUUUCAAGAUCCCAUCCAUGGCAGAGGGCAAGAUCACUAAAUCCAAAGUUAAGCCCAGGAUGAUUCCCAAUAUUGCUCUUCAGGAAGUUGAUCGUGCUCUGACACUUGAGGUUCCCCCUCCUACUGCCAUCAACACCAUGCAAGCCAUUGGGACGCAGCUGUGUGCCAUACCUGAAACAGAGCUUGCAGACUCGGAGCUUCUUCGAGAAGAUCCAGGCCCGACAGAUGGCCAAGUUUGAUAUUGUGCCUGACCCACCUCCUCUUUGAAUCUCUAUGGUACUUUUGCGUAGUUGGAACGUCUUAUGUUGGAAUAUUCGUGGACUUAAUUCGCCCAAAAAACAUCUAGCUCUAUCGAAUGCUAUUCGUGACAGCAGUUGCUCCAUCAUUUGCUUACAAGAAUCGAAAAUGACCUCAUUUGAUGAACAUGCUUUACGUACAUUGUGUCCUAAACGAUUUGACAAAUUUGCAUAUAUUCCCUCCCGAGGGGCUUCUGGUGGGAUAGUCACGAUUUGGAACAGCUCUAUAUUUAUAGGAACUACAUUUGUAGAAGAGGAUUUCGUGUUAGGGGUCCAGUUCUCAUCAACACAAACUUUGCAUACCUGGAAGCUAUUGAACAUAUAUGGCCCCUGCCAAGGGGAUCAAAGGGUUUGUUUCACAUCUUGGCUCUUUGAUCUUGACAUUGUGGCAACUGAGGAUUGGUUGAUCCUAGGGGAUUUCAACUUCAUUAGGGCACCAACGAACUGCAAUCUACCCGGAGGUAACAUUCAAGACAUGUUUACGUUUAAUGAAUUCAUCAGUGAGCAGAUGUUAACGGAGAUCCCAAUCAAAGGCCGACCAUAUACAUGGUCGAACAUGCAGCUAAACCCUUUGCUCGAACAACUCNNNNNNNNNNNNNNNNNNNNNNNNNNNNNNNNNNNNNNNNNNNNNNNNNNNNNNNNNNNNNNNNNNNNNNNNNNNNNNNNNNNNNNNNNNNNNNNNNNNNGUUGGUCUUUAUUCACUUUUCUCUUGAACUUCAAAAAUUUCAGCAAAAAUAAAUUAUGUUCAGGAGGAAGUUUCAUGGUGGUUCCUCAAGUAAGAAGGGUCCCCGUCUUUCUAUUCGGGAGCCCGAUCCUUAUCAACUAAGAUAAGCACCGGUACAACCAUGUGAAUGGCCUUCCGAUGAGUUCAUGAUCGAAGCAGGCUUCAAGGAUGAGUUUGAUACACUUGUCUGCAAUGUCGGGUUAGAAGAAUUCCUCUCAAAUAAAUGUGAACAGUAUGCUUUGCUCACUGCCUCUUUCGUGUGUAGAUUUAAAUUUUUAGUUGGGCGUGACUCAUCCAUACCGUUUGACCUGUAUGAUAAAUCCUACGCCAUGGAUUUGGAGGAUUUCAAUAGGAUUUGCAAGAUACCCGAUGGGGGAAAUCUUAAAGAUCCUGCUAAGUCUUCGGUUAGAGAUUUUGUCUCUAGUAUAACUGUUGGAGAAACUAGAGACAUCACGCAAGCUACCAUAGGAAGCAUUCAUUUCCCUGGCUUGCACUACUUUUCCCUCUUCAUAGGUAAUGCAUUAACGGCAAGGUUGAACAUUGUCACCUAUGCGCAUCCGACCUUAGUAUCCUUAAGAGCGCAGUGACGGGUGACAAAAGCUUCAACAUGGGAGCUAUUAUAGCAAGGAGGAUGAAUAAGAAUGCUAUUGAUGGGGAUUUCUUUGGCGGCAUCUAUGCCACUUGCAUAGCAAAUUUUCUUGGAGUACCCAUCCGCGCAGGAGAUCCCCCGCUCCAUACAGCUUUCCUUGACCACGUCGCUAUGACACGCUACCAGUUCCUUGAGAGGGAUGAUGAAUCCCUCCUAUACCGAUUGAUAUUUAACCGGCAACGUGUUUUCCAUAUUACCCUUCCUGCUCCUGCUUUGUUUGACUUUCAGGUAAAACGGAGAUACUACAUAACCAUAGGAGAGGCAUAGGAGUAUGAGAGGGAGGCGACGGCUGCUCGUCUCUGUGAGGCAACUAUUUAGGCAGUGGCUGCAGCGCUCCCGUAUAACCCCGAUUAUGAUUUUGGGUUUUGCCAGGACCGUCCUUGGGAGUAGACCAAGCGAGGCCAAAAGCCUAAGCUUGGGGGAGUACGUGUUUGCACCAACUUUACAUUCAAGCUUAUGCUUUCACUUUGUUAGUCAGUGUUUACACUUUGCCACUGUAUUAUCCAUGCUAGUUUAUUUUCGUUUUCUUGNNNNNNNNNNNNNNNNNNNNNNNNNNNNNNNNNNNNNNNNNNNNNNNNNNNNNNNNNNNNNNNNNNNNNNNNNNNNNNNNNNNNNNNNNNNNNNNNNNNNGACCGGAGUCUGCAAACGCAGAAGAAUUUUGAAUCGGCAAGAAAUUCAUCCGCUUUGUAUUACUUCGAUGACAUUUGUUCUUUACAUUGUCUCUGUCGGCGGUUAUGUGUAGAAGUGCUUCAGUAGAUCUCCAUUCCAUGCCCGCGGCUCGUCCGUCUCCCUGUCGAGGUUGUAGAGUCGAUACGCUCCAUUGUUCCGUACCUUAGAAAUGAUGAACGGUCCUUCAUAGGCGGGAGCCAACUUGUGUGGUCUCUGUUGAUCCACUCGGAGCACCAGGUCUCCUGCUUGGAACGUGCGGCUCCUGACGUGCCGCUCAUGAAAUCGCCGCAGAUCUUGUUGAUAAAUUGUUGAACGGAUCAAUGCCAUCUCGCGCUCCUCUUCCAAAAGGUCUACUCCGUCUUGCCUGGCUUGCUCUUCUUCGGCUUCGGAGAAGAGUUCGACUCGUGGAGAGUUGUGAAGCAAGUCACUUGGAAGGACUGCCUCUGCUCCAUAAACGAGGAAAAAUGGGGAUCGUCCUGUCGAUCUAUUCGGGGUUGUUCGGAGGCCCCACAGCACCGAAGGCAGCUCGGUGACCCAUGCGCCGGCGGCAUGCCCAACUUCCCGCAGGAGUCGAGGCUUCAACCCUUAAAGAAUGAGUCCAUUCGCCCGCUCCGCUUGUCCAUUUGUUUGGGGGUGCGCAAAGGAUGCAAAAUACACUCGGAUACCUUGGCCUACGCAAAAACCUUUGAACUCGUCCGAGUUAAAGUUUGGGCCAUUGUCGGUGAUUAUGCUGUGUGGAACCCCGUAUCUGGCAAUGAUGUCUCUGAUAAAUUUGAUGGCCGUAAGGGCAUCAAGCUUCUUGAUUGGCUUGGCUUCAAUCCACUUGGUAAACUUGUCGACUGCUACCAGCAGAUGGGUGAAUCCUCCUUGGCUUGUUCUGAAUGGUCCGACUGUAUCUAAUCCCCACACGGCCAAUGGCCAAGAAAGGGGAAUUGUCUUCAGCGCGGACGUUGGCUUGUGGGACUUGUUUGAAUAGAACUCACAACCUUCGCAAUGGUCGACUAUAUCUUUUGCCAUUUCAUUCGCCUGCAACCAGAAGAAACCAGCUCUGAAUGCUUUGGCAACGAUCGCCCUUGAGGAGGCAUGAUGACCACAGGUUCCUGAGUGAAUUUCUUCCAAAAUUAACCGACCCUCCUCAGGAGAGAUACACCCCUGAAGGACGCCUGAAACACUUUCUCUGUAUAACUGGUCAUCAAUGACGGUGAAGGACUUCGACCUGCGAAUGAUCUGCCUAGCUUGGACCUCAUCUUCCGGUAACUCUUGCCUCAGGAUGUACGCAAUGAGUGGCACAGUCCAUUCGGGAAUGACAGCUAGAAUCUCCAUGACCAGGUCAACCACAGCGGGAAACUCGACUUCGAUCUGAUCUAUUGAGCUCUUCGGUUGCACAAGUUCCUCUAUAAAAGGAUCUUCUUUUACCGAGGGGAGGUGUAAGUGCUCGAGGCAGACAUCACUCGGGACAGGUCUCCGUGUGGAUCCAAGUUUUGCCAAUUCAUCUGCUGCUUGGUUUUUCAGUCGGGGAACAUGGUGAAGUUCCAUACCUUCGAACUUCUUUUCGAGCUUUCUUAUUGUGUUGCAGUAUGCAGUCAUGGUGGGGUUCCUUACAUCCCACUCCUUCAUUACUUGAUUAACCACUAGAUCUGAGUCGCCAUAGACCAUCAGGCGACGGACGCCGAGUGUGAUGGCCAUGCACAACCCGUAAAGGAGAGCUUCGUACUCUGCUUCGUUGUUGGAAAAAUCAAAAUGGAUCUGCAACACAUACUUGAGUUUAUCACCUUUCAGGGAUAUGAGCAGUACGCCGGCGCUGGAGCCAUUCAACAUCUUGGACCCAUCGAAGAACAUGGUCCAAUGAGCCGAGUAGAUGUGAGUCGGUUGCUGUUGCUCUACCCAUUCUGCCAUGAAGUCGGCAAGAGCUUAAGACUUUAUAGCUUUCUUGGCUUCGAACUUGAUGUCGCAGUAUAGCAUAUCCAUUGCUCACUUUGCCACUCGGCCUGAUGCGUCCCGAUUGUGGAGAAUUUCCGACAACGGAGCAUCAGAUAUGACAGAUACCGAGUGGUCUUGGAAAUAAUGAGCCACGUGCUUUGCAGUCAUGUAGAUCCCAUAAAUAAGCUUCUGAUAAUGGGGACACCUCUGCUUGGAAGGAGUCAGGACUUCAGAAACAUAAUAUACUGGCCGCUGAACCUUGUACGCUUUGCCUUCUUCUUCGCGUUCGACUGUCAGAAUAGUGUUGACGACUUCGUUUGUAGCCGCGAUGUACAAAAGAAGGGGUUCUUUACUGAGUGGGGCAGUAAGAACCGGCUGGGUGGAAAGCAGGGCUUUGAGGUCGUCGAAUGUGGUUUGGGCUUCGUUUGUCCACUCGAAGGUAUCCGACUUCUUCAUGAGUCGGUACAGAGGUAACGCCUUCUCGCCGAGUCGAGCGAUAAACCUGCUCAAAGCCGCUAGAAAACCUAUGAGCUUUUGUACGUCAUGUACUCUUACCGACCGCUCCAUUCGAACAAUGGUCCCGAUGUUUUCGGGGUUGACAUCGAUCCCUCGUUCGGAAACAAAGAAACCGAGUAACUUCCCGCUGGGAACGCCAAAUGAACACUUGGCUGGGUUUAGCUUGAUAUUGUACCUACGUAGGUUGGCGAAUGUUUCUGCCAAGUCAGUCAGUAGGUCGGAACCUUUGCGUGACUUGACUACGAUAUCGUCCAUAUAUGCCUCCACAUUUCGACCAAUCUGGUCUAGGAGGCAUUUUUGGAUCAUUCGCAUAAAAGUUGCUCUUGCAUUUUUCAAACCGAAUGGCAUAUUGAUGUAACAGAAGCACCCGAAUGGGGUGAUGAAAGAUGUUUUUAAUUCAUCCGGACCAUAUAGACGGAUCUGAUGGUAGCCCGAAUAGGCUUCAAGGAAGGAUAAGCGCUCGCAACCCGCAGUCGAAUCAACGAUUUGAUCUAUGCGGGGGAGCGGGAAGUGGUCUUUCGGACAGACCUUAUUAAGGUCCUUGAAAUCGAUGCACAUACGAAGAGACUUGUCCUUCUUGGGCACCAUGACAACAUUAGCGAGCCACUCGGAGUGGUGUACCUUGCGAAUGAAGUUGGCUGCCAGAAGUUUAGCUACCUCCUCUCCGAUUGCUUUUCUCUUGUGCGCGGCAGACCGACACAGUCGUUCUCGGACGGGCCGAGCGGCAGGAUCCACAUGCAGUCGGUGCUCAGCCAACUCCCUGGGUACACCUGGCAUGUCAGCAGGCUUCCAUGCAAAAAUGUCCCAGUUCUCAUGAAGGAAUUGGAUGAGCUCGGUUUCCUAUUUUGGAUCAAGGGUGGUGGAGAUGUUUGUUGGGGCGGUGGUGGCAUCCGUCGGGUGGACUCUUACUUUUUUCGUGUCUCCCGCCGACUGGAAUGCGGACUCGGAAGCUGGCUUCUUUGAACGCAUCAGGUCGGCAGGGUCGGCAAUCUUCUUGUACUCAUCCAACUCGAGUACAGCCAUCUGAUGGUCUGCAAUUCUCAACCCCUGCUGCAGACACUCCUCGGCUCGUUGCCGAUUGCGUGUGACAGUAAUCACGCCUUUGGGACCAGGCAUCUUCAGCUUCAAAUAUACGUAACAUGGACGGGCCAUGAAACGUACAUAUGCCGGACGGCCCAGAAUGGCAUGGUAUGCACUCUGGAAGUCUACCACCUCGAAUGUUAACUUCUAUUUGCGGAAGUUCUUGUCAGAGCCGAAGACGACGUCCAACGCAAUCUGGCUGAGAGAUUUUGCCUUUCUUCCUAGGACGACUCCAUGGAAUUGCAUACUGCUUUCGCUAAGUCUGGACAUCACAAUGCCCAUUCCCUUGAGAGUAUCGGUGUACAUGAUAUUCAAGCCGCUGCCGCCGUCCAUGAGGACUUUGCGCAGCCUAACUCCUUCCACCACCGGGUCGACGACCAGAGCUUGCCUCCAUGGGGUGGGUACGUGUGCUGGGUGGUCUGCCUGAUCAAAAGUGAUUGCAGUCUGUGACCACUUGAGGAACGUGGGAGUGGAUGGGGUUGCCAUGUUUACCUCCCUGCUGACCAGCUUCAGUCGACUUUUGCUUUCUACAUCAGCAAAAAUCAUUAAUUUUGCAUGGACUUGAGGGAACGGAUCCUCCUUGUCCUCAUCAUCUUUCUCGGUGUCUUUCUCACUCGGCUGUCCUUCACCGAAUCCUUGGAUCAGGAGGCGACACUACCGAGUGGUAUGUUUCGGCAAUAUGACAUUGCCUUCUUCAUCCAUCUUCGUGUGGAUUGGACACGGCUGAUCUAGGAUGGAAUUUCCUGACUGUUUCUUCUUGGGGGUGUACUGUGGUUUCCCCUUGCCUUUGAACUUAGCGUUUGUAACGACUGCCGCCUCUGCUUGCGGAGUGGAUUGGGCUUUCUAUUUCUGCUUCCGACUGCUGCUCCCAUCUCCGUCGGCGACUGACUUAUGCUUGCCGCUACGUAUGCGGUCCUCCUCUUCGCCAUUUGCAUAGCACGCAGCUAUCUCCAUCAUCUUGCUCAUGGAGAUGUCGCCUGUCCGACCAAACUUCAGGUAUAGAUCUUUGUACCGAACGCCUGCCUUGAAGGCGCAGACUGCUUGGUGUUCUGUAACAUUCUCCACCGUGUGGUAGAGGGUUGUCCAGCGUUGGGUAAAAUCGCGCAGGGGCUCGUUUUGCUUCUGGACACAGUGCUGAAGCUUUGUGAGACCAGCGGGGCAUUUGCACGUACCCUUGAAGGUCCUGAUGAAGACUCGGGACAGAUCUGCCCAACUCGAAAUGGUUGAUGGAGCUAACUGGUUUAGCCAAGCUCGAGCCGAACCGUCGAGCAUCAAUGGGAGAUGUUUCAGGGCGACAUGGUCAUCUCCGCCACCGAUGUGGACCACCACUCUGUAGUCGUCUAACCAAGUUUCUGGUUUGGACUCUCCUGUGAAUUUGCUGAAUCCCGUCGCCAAUCGGAAGUUGGGAGGGAUGUCAGCCGAGCGAAUGGCCCGACUGAAACACUCGGGACCAGAAACAACGGUCCUGCUUCCACUCGGAUGAUCUCUAUCGUGACCACCACGGUGGGCUCGGCUUCUAUCAACCUUCUUUUGAGUGAUAUACCCUCUUGCAUCAGGCCUUUGAUCAUGCGCGUCACCGCCCGAACGACAAUCAUCGUAAUGCGGGGGUCCGUAAGGCCCACUCCGCCGAGGAGUACGCGAACGGCGAUGAUCUUCGGGAUGAGACCGAAUGGAAGGUGGAUUCCGACUCUGGUCCCUGGAAUGAUCGUUCCAGAGGCUGCCCCCUCUGCGACGCUGGUGAGAGCUGGGACUGAAAACCGACCGAUGUGUGUUCGCUUGAACGGAACUGUUGUGGAUCUUGUUGUGCGACUGGGAGACCGCCGAGUUUUGCUGCUGCACCGUAUGUAACAAGGCACGGAUCUGCUCAAUUCCUCUACCAGCCUCUGAAUCAGUCGGCUGGAGAGAAUCAGUGAUCUUGGCGGCUGCAGCCAAGUUGAGGAUGGGUGUGCGGAACACCUCGACGUGGCUCUGGCGAACGCGUCGACUGGAAGAACGAGGGUGCUGACGACGAGCGCCGGAUGAUUCUCCGAUCUCACGCUCGUUCCGACCAGUCCCGGGCGACUUUUGUGGGAAUCGGCCAUGAGCACUUCGGCCGUAGGCCCGUGACCCUGAUACUCGGAAGGUAGUUCAGUCGGAAAUGAGUCCAAGCACUGGGAUGACCGCGGGACCACAACCGAUUCAAGCACCACCACUUGAGAGGACAUGUUUUGUCGCGCUAGGGCGUGUCGCACCCAACGCUGGAGCCCCGAACGACCGGAUAGCUUGUUGCGGUGCGUGACGGGGGCGAAGAUCGAAACCGGGGUCGAUGGCUGGACAAGAAGAACACCGCAGGAACUGGCACGGAAGUGCGUAGCCCCGCGACUCGGAAGCGUCUUGACAUCGAGGGGCGCAUCCUGAUGCCAUGCCGAAUCAUCAGCGAUGAAGGAGAGCGCACCGAAGAGGAUCUCACGACCCAUGCACAGAUCUCCGCCGGAUGACAUGACGAAGAGAUGAAAUCACAAACUCGCCGGAAGUCGCUUAUACGCCAGCCCCACGGUGGGCACCAACUGUCGUGGGUAUAAGUCUGGCAGUAGAAGUACGGGGUAUGAAAGUAUAUGGGCAGAGCCUUAGCUACGGCGAGGAUAUAUGAGUUCAGGCCCCUCUACNNNNNNNNNNNNNNNNNNNNNNNNNNNNNNNNNNNNNNNNNNNNNNNNNNNNNNNNNNNNNNNNNNNNNNNNNNNNNNNNNNNNNNNNNNNNNNNNNNNNGCCUUUGGCGGCGAGCUCCCUCUCUCUCUCGAUCAAUUUUCUCCCCCGUCGCGUUUGUAGCGGCGCUUGGCAAAGCCUCGCUGAGGUUGUACCACCACCACCGUCACUAGUAGAAAACAGGGCAUUGAGCCAACCACAUUGGACCCGGAUUGGAUAUAAACCGGUUCUAAAGGGUCUAUCCGCUGGGCCCCCUCCCUGCAGCGAAUGGCCGCAAGGCCUUUAGGACCGGUUUGUAACACAAACCGGUCCUAAAGGGUUUUGGACCGUUUGCUGCAGGGCGGGGACCCAGUGGACAGACCCUUUAGAACCGGUUUGUAUCACAAACUGGUGCUAAAGUUUUUCUCAUUUUUGCAGCAACUGCGGGGCCCCGUUGUCAGACCCUUUAGCACCGGUUUUUAACACAAACCGGUCCUAAAGCCCUCCCCUAUAUUCCACUCCGAGCUCAGCUCCAUUUUUUCCAGCGCGAGCUCAACUCCAUUUUUGCUCUCUCCUUCCUCUUGGGAGCUCUAAUCCAUCCCCAUUUUUCUCCACCAUUUGUCAAGAUUGUUGGCACCCAUCGGUCCUACGGUUAACAUCAACAUUCCCUCUUCCGGCAUUGCAAGUUUUGCUCGUUUUCUUGCUCAUUUCAUUUUUGUUGUGCUAGCUAGGUGUUUGAUGAAAUGCCUAAGCUAGAGAGAGUUCAUCAUUUGUUAUGUAUACAUAUGCAAUUUGAGCUCAAAUUUAAUUAUGAUUUAUGGUUUUUUUUAGUGUCGCGCGCCUUGUCCCCUUCCUCACCGCCGUCGAUCGCCCCGUCACCGACACAACCUUGGUGAGCCUAGUGUUUUUAUUUACCAAAACAAAUUAUGAUUUGUAUGAUUUACAUAUUUACUUGUAUAUAAUUUUCUUAUUGUGUAAGAUUUUUUUUAUAUGUAUAGCGCCAUGGUUUUGAUAUCCGUCCCCGUUGGCCCUCGUCCAGUCUAUGAUUCGGAUGUGGUAUAUUAUCUUUUAUAACUACAUAUUUUCAUUUCCUGAUUAUAUGACAAUUAAUUACGCCGACCAACUUGACAUAGAUAUUUUUAUCUAGGAGGUAGUGGAACCGGAAAUGCCAAUCGACCCUAUUGUUGAGAAGUUACACUUAGUUGAACAAGAAAAUGUUGGCCUGAAAGAAAGAUUGAAAAAAACUGAAGAAAGGUUGGAAAAAACUGAAAGAGAGAAGAUGACCUUGGAAAAGGUUCUUGCCGGUGUCGUCGAUGGUCACAAGAGCGAGAUGGACGCAAUGCGCCUGAAGAUUAGAAAGAUUAGAAAAUAUGCAAUUAGUAAAGAGGCUUCGUAUCAUUAGGCCGUCGGGUCAAUUGUUACCUUUGUUGCGAUUUUGAUCGCAUUUGUUGUUGUUUUUAAAUGCAUUAGUUAGAGAGAGUUUUUAUGGUUGGUUUCAGUGUGUAUUUUUAUGAGAACUAUAUAUGUAUGGUCACUACGCUACUUUGGUUUUAACGUGUGAUGAACUUUUUGUAUUAAUUAAUUAAUUUAGUCAUGAUGAUUUAGCAUAAUGGUUUUUGAUAAAUUUAUAUAAUGCAGAUGAACCGGCAAUGGAUGUACAGUGAUCGACGUCGUCCCGAAUUCCUUAAUGGCAUGCAUAGUUUUCUCAAUGUGGCUGAGAAAAACAGGCAGAAUGGAUUUAUUUUUUGUCCAUGUAAAAAAUGCCAGAAUAAGAGGAAUUUCCCUAACUCAAGAACCAUACACACCCACCUGUUGCAAGAAGGCUUCAUGCCCAGUUAUUUUUGUUGGACCAAGCACGGAGAAAGAGGGGUUGUAAUGGAAGACAAUGAAGAAGAAGAGGAUAAUGAUAACUAUCCUAUGUUCGGUGAACACGGUGAUACUGAAAUGGGGGAAGACGAGCCUGAACUUGAGGACAUUGUUGAUGAGUCUGAUGAUGAUCUUCGUCAGGUCAUUCGUGAAGAACAGAUAAACUGCGGAAGUGAAAACGAGAGGUUGAAGUUGGAGCGCAUGUUAGAAGAUCACAAAAAAUUGUUGUACCCAAAUUGCGAAGAUGGCCAGAAAAAGUUGGGCACCACCCUGGAAUUGCUGCAAUGGAAGGCAGAGAAUGGAAUAUCUGACAAGGGAUUUGAAAAGCUGCUGAAAAUAAUGAAGAAGAUGCUUCCAAGAGAUAACGUGCUGCCCUGCAGUACGUACGAAGCAAAGAAGGUUGUCUGCCCUCUAGGAUUGGAAGUGCAUAAGAUACAUGCAUGCAUCAAUGACUGCAUCCUCUACCGCGGUCAAGACGAGAAUUUAAAUGCGUGCCCGGUAUGCGGUGCAUUUCGGUAUAAGGUCAGGCGAGAUGACCCUCGUGAUGUUGUGGGCGACGAUCGCCCCAGGAAGAGGGUUCCUGCCAAGGUGAUGUGGCAUGCUCCUAUAAUACCACGGUUGAAACGUUUGUUCCGAAACAAAGAGCAUGUCAAGUUGCUGCGAUGGCACAAAGAAGACCGUAAGGAAGAUGAUAUGCUGAGACAACCCGCUGAUGGGUCGCCGUGGAGAAACAUCGACGAUAAGUACGAGGACUUUGCACGUGACCCAAGAAACUUAAGGUUUGGUCUAAGUACAGAUGGCCUGAAUCCGUUUGGGGAGCAGAGUAGCAGUCAUAGCACCUGGCCCGUGACUCUAUGUAUCUAUAACCUUCCUCCUUGGUUAUGCAUGAAGCGUAAGUUCAUUAUGAUACCAGUGCUUAUCCCAGGCCCGUCGCAACCCGGCAACAACAUUGAUGUGUACCCGAGGCCACUGGUUGAUGAACUUUUAGAGUUGUGGGCUGACGAAGGUGUACGUGUGUGGGACGAGUACAAACAGGAGGAAUUUGACCUACGAGGGUUGUUGUUUGUAACCAUCAAUGAUUGGCCCGCUCUUAGUAACAUCUCAGGACAGUCAAACAAGGGAUACAGCGCAUGCACACACUGUUUAGGCGAGACUGAAAGUAUACAUAUAUGCAAGAAUGUGUACCCAGGGCAUCGUCNNNNNNNNNNNNNNNNNNNNNNNNNNNNNNNNNNNNNNNNNNNNNNNNNNNNNNNNNNNNNNNNNNNNNNNNNNNNNNNNNNNNNNNNNNNNNNNNNNNNAGCCGGCGAGGAGGCGAGGGCGGCGAGGAGGCGACGGCGUGGGGCGGCAAGGAGGCGGCGUGGGGCGGCGAGGAGGCGGCGAGGAGGUCGAGUCGGCGAGGAGAGAAGGCGAGGAGAGAGGCGGCGAGGAGAGAAGACGCGCGGGAAGGCGAGAAGAUGGCGGCACCGGAGAGGUCUAGGCUGUACAAGCCUUUAGCACCGGUUGGUGUUGACAACCGGUCCUAAAGACCCUUUAGCACCGGUUGUUAACACAAACCGGUACUAAAGGUCCAAAAAUUGGGCGCGCGAGCGAACCCACCUUUAGGACCGGUUGUUGUUAAAAACCGGUCCUAAAGGUUUUUUUUCUUUUUCUUUUUUCCUUUUUUCUGUUUCCUGUUUUCUUUUUCUUUUUGUUUCCUUUUUCUUUUUCCUGUUUCUUCUUUUAUUUUUAUUUUUUGUUUCCCUUUUCUGUUUUCUUUUUACAUUUAUUUAUAAAAUCAAAGUAAACUCAAAAAGCUUUUGUAAAAUCAAAUAUUUAUAAAAACAUAUUUAUAUUUUCUGAUAAUUUGUGUAAAAAUUCUCUAAAUGUCAUUUAAAAGAAUAAAAAAAUAAAAAAUAAGAUAUUUAUCAAACUAAUUUGAAAAUAUAAAGAUAUUUUUUUGUUUCCUUUUUCUUUUUCCUGUUUCUUCUUUUAUUUUUCUUUUUUGUUUCUUUUUUCUGUUUUNNNNNNNNNNNNNNNNNNNNNNNNNNNNNNNNNNNNNNNNNNNNNNNNNNNNNNNNNNNNNNNNNNNNNNNNNNNNNNNNNNNNNNNNNNNNNNNNNNNNAAACCCUUAAGGCCGUAAAACUUAGGGAAACUUUCGGGUAACGGGGGAAACUUUACGGUUACGGGUAACGGAACUUUGGAAACCCUACCGGGUUAAAUCCCUAAGUAACCCACGAACCUAGAAAUACGNUAGAAUGACUUCAAUGCUAGGAAGCAUGGUAAAGAAAGUAGAGCCAUGGGUUCAGAGACCUAUGUCAUUUCCUCCUAAGCCAUCCMAGAAAAAGGAUGAUGAGGAUUUUGAGCGCUUCGUUGAGAUGAUAAGACCCGUAUUUCUGCAGAUGCGGUUAACUGAUAUACUCGUCUCUGUAUGCCAAGUACAUGAAAGAUAUCGUGACUAAUAAACGGAAGUAUACCAGAUCUUGAGAUCUCCACCAUGCUUGCCAAUUACUACUUUUAAAGGUGGAACUCCUAAGAAACUUUGUGAUCCCGGAGUGCCCACUACACCUUGCUCCAAUUAAGGAACUACGUAAGACUGCCUUAUGUGACCUUGGAGCCGGUGUUAGUGUUAUGCCGCUCUUCUUUAUCUACUAGUACUUGGUAGGUUAGGUUAAGUUAAAGGUUUACGGUAACCUACCCCCGUAACCNNNNNNNNNNNNNNNNNNNNNNNNNNNNNNNNNNNNNNNNNNNNNNNNNNNNNNNNNNNNNNNNNNNNNNNNNNNNNNNNNNNNNNNNNNNNNNNNNNNNGAAGAAGAAGAAGAAGAAGAAAGAAAGAAAGAAAGAAGAAGAAGAAGAAGAAGAAAGAAAGAAAGUAAAGAAGAUAGAGAGAGAGAGAGAGACGAGAGAGAGAGAGAGAGAGAGAGUAGAGAGGAGGAGAGAAGAAGAAGAAGAAGAAGAAGAAGAGGAGGAGAAGAAAGAGGAAAAAAUGAAAAGAAGGAAGAAGAAGGAAGAAGAGAAGGAGAAGAGAAGAAGAAGAGAAGAAGCAUGAGAACGAGGAGGAGGAGAAGGAGCCCUCCUUCUUCUCCUUCUUCUCUCAUCCUUAUUCUUCUCCCUCCUUCUUCUCCUUCUUCUUCUGCUUCUUCUCACCUCCUUCUUCUCCUUCUUCUUCUCCUUAUUCUUCUCUUCUUCUCCUCCUCCUCCUCCUUCUAAUUCUCCUCCUCCUCCUUCUCCUUCUCAUCCUUCUCCUUCUUCUUCUCUUCUUGCUUCUUCUCUUUCUUCUUCUACGUAGCUUAUUUUCCCCAACAAAGACAUACUUAGCUAAUUAUCCUCCAAACUAACAUAAUUAGCUUAGUUAGGGUAAAAACAUCCUAAGAACCUUGGUUAGCUCACAACUUAGGUAAUUAUCCUCCAAAAAUGAUAUAAUAAGCUUAAAAUGGCAUAAAAACCUUGGUUAGCUCAUGAAUAUUAUAUUCUUACCUUGUUUUCCUCUAAAAUGACAUAAUUAGCCCAUAUAGCUCCAAAAAGACAUUAUUAUAUAAUUUAGCUCCAACAAAAGGAGAAGAGGAGAAGAAGAGAAGAAGAAGAGAAGAAGAGAAGAAGAAAAAAUAAGAAGAGAGAAAAAUAAAGAAAAGAAGAAUAAGUAGAAGAAGUGGAUAAAGAAAUAAUAGAAAUAGAAAUAAGAGGAAGAAGAAGAAGAAGAGGAGGAAGAAGAGGAGAAGAGGAGAAGAGGAGGAGGAGGAGGAGAAGAAUAAGAAGAAGAGGAGAAGAGGAGAAGAAAUAGGAAAAAUGAAAAGAAGGAAGAAGAAGAAGAAGAGAAGAAGAAGGAGAAGGAUCCUUCCUUCUUCUCCUUCUUCUCUCUUCCUUCUUGUUCUCCCUCCUUCUUCUCCUUCUUCUCUCCUCCUUGUUCUCCUUCUUAUUCUCCUUCUUCUUCUCUUCUUCUUCUCCUCCUCCUCCUUCUCAUUCUCCUCCUCCUCCUUCUCCUUCUCCUCCUUCUUCUUCUCUUCUUGCUUCUUCUCUUUCUUCUUCUGCGUAGCUUAUUUUCCCGAAUUAAGACAUACUUAGCUAAUUAUCCUCCAAAAUGACAUAAUUAGCUUAAUUAGGGUAAAAACAUCGUAAUAACCUUGGUUAGCUCAUAACUUAGCUAAUUAUCCUCCAAAAUGACAUAAUAAGCUCAAAAUGGCAUAAAAACAUUGGUUAGCUCAUGAAUAUUAUAUUAUUAGAUUGUUUUCCUCUAAAAUGACAUAAUUAGCCCAUAUAGCUCCAAAAAGAACAUAAUUAGAUAAUUUAGCUCCAAAAAGAGGAGAAGAGGAGAAGAAAUAGGAAAAAUAGAAAAGAAGGAAGAAGAAGAAGAAGAAGAAGACAAGAAGAAGGAGAAGGAGGAGGAGGAGAAGAAGGAGAAGGAGGAGAAGACCUUCUCCUCGUUCUCCUCCUUCUUCUUCUCCUUCUUCUUGAUUUCUUCUUCUUCUCCUCCUCCUCCUCUUUGUUCUCCUCCUCCUCCUCUUUCUUCUCCUCUUUCUUAUUCUCCUUACCUUAUUUUCCCCAACAAUGACAUAUAUAAUUAGCCCAUUUAGCUCCAAAAUGACAUAAUAAGCUCAAAAUGGCAUUAGAACCUUGGUUAGCUAAUGAAUAUUAUAUUCUUAGCUUGUUUUCCUCUAAAAUAUCAUAUGUUGUUCUUCUUCUGACUUUCUUAUUCACAUUUCUGCAGAUUGGAUGUACUACAUGCAUGGAAGCUGGCAUUCAUGGAGUGCCUUAUUAGUUCUAGUUUUAAUUUGAGUUGAUGAACAAUGUCGAACUAUAUGUAUAUGUAUCUAUGGAUGAACAGUGUAAAACUUUGUAUGUUGGUUCUUUCGAUAUAUGGGAUGUACAUUGGUGAACUUUGUAUGUAUAUCAUAUAUGUGUGGUGAACUAUAUAUAUGUGUUGUGAAAUAUAUAUCAUAUAUGUGUUGUGAAAUAUAUAUAUAUAUAUAUAUAUAUAUAUAUAUAUAUUAUAGUAAAUAAACUAAAACAAAACGAAARUAAAKWAACUAAUAGUACGGUACGUUCGUUUCGUUCUCGUCGUUCGNNNNNNNNNNNNNNNNNNNNNNNNNNNNNNNNNNNNNNNNNNNNNNNNNNNNNNNNNNNNNNNNNNNNNNNNNNNNNNNNNNNNNNNNNNNNNNNNNNNNACCUUUGGUGCCGGGUUGAUCUUGCAGAACGGCUUAAGACCUAUUUGGCCGCACUUGGCCAUGAGUUCGCCGGUCAAUUUCUUGAUGAUGGUUACAAUAUCAUUUUCUGUCAGUGCUGUGUGGAAGUAGCACUGGGAGUGAUCCAGGGUACCAUCAAAAUCACACAUUAAUCCGUCCCAGCGACUUAAGGGAAGGAUACGCCAUUCGACCCAGCAGCAGAUUAAGUCAACCCCAGUAAGGCCAUUGUUUGUCAGAGAUCUUAACUCGGACAGUACUGGGAUAAAAUCUGACUCCUCUUCUUCUUGGCAGUCUCAGGCUGCAUUUCGCUCAGCCCGUGUGACCUGUGAAGGUCCUCUUGCGCCUUGCCUGUUAGGCUGCCUACGCUGCCAUGAGCUCAUUAGUCUUGCUCUUCAGCUUGAGCUUCGAUAUCACACACUUGGCGCAUGCACUCAGACUUGAMMCACUCCAGCUAUCUCAUAGACUGUCUUUGUCUCGAAGGUCCAUCCCAGUUUUGCUCCUCCUGGUACCUCUAUCUUAGCCACCUCUAAGCGCCAUCCGCAAGGCCAAGGGUCUCUAAUCUCUACGGUCAGGGACUUCGACAUCUUCCAUUCUAUGUCACUGGUGGAUGAGGGCUCGUUUUCAAAACUUCAGUUCAAUGGACUGCCAAAGUCCACCGUAUUGGCAUUGCCUGCCUAUGCUCNUUCCGAAUUUCAUCACCUGCUAGGUCCUUGGACGUCCCUUNNNNNNNNNNNNNNNNNNNNNNNNNNNNNNNNNNNNNNNNNNNNNNNNNNNNNNNNNNNNNNNNNNNNNNNNNNNNNNNNNNNNNNNNNNNNNNNNNNNNGGCGGUGAGACGCCGGAGAGAGGGGGUGGUUGGGCAUCGGAGGAAGGGCUGAGUGGUGGUGGGCGCUGGAGGGUAGGGGCUUUGCCGCCGGCGACCUGAUCGGGAGGGUGGCCGGUGGUGCAUUGGAGGAGGGGGGUGGUGGUCGGGACGAGAGAGGAGUCGGGGGCCGAGAGUGGUGGUCGCGACGGGGGAGGAGUCUGGGUACGAGAGAGAAGAGAGGUGGUGAGAGGAUAAGGUCGGGUGGAGGUGAGUGGUGGGCCAGCCGAGUUGAGUGGAUGCGGUGGAUCCUGGGUGGGAGAGGCAGCGACGGUGGGAUGGGCCGCCACGUCAUCGAUCCAUGGGAUCGAUCCGCGUGGUGUGCUUUCUCUUUGCCGUCAUCCGGUUAUUUUUCAAGACGACAAAUUAAGUCGUUGCCGUCAUCCGGUUUUUUUACAGACGACAAAAUAUUUUUUCACCACGUCCGUGCGUGGUGGUGUAGGUGGGGGUUGGGUCGUCGGUCGUGUACGUCUACGUAGUCCUUUCCCAACGUCCAUUCNNNNNNNNNNNNNNNNNNNNNNNNNNNNNNNNNNNNNNNNNNNNNNNNNNNNNNNNNNNNNNNNNNNNNNNNNNNNNNNNNNNNNNNNNNNNNNNNNNNNACUUGGAGAUGAAGUCGCCAGCUUGGGUAGAACCCGGCCCAAACUAGGCGGGUUACCAACCAGAUAAUUAUCCCCCUAACGAUUUAGGCCCCCAGAUUGACUUGAAUUUUUUUUCACCGCCAAAUAUUUCUCACCCACGUUAGGGCGAUUCAUCUCAAUCCUUUUACGAACCAUGCACUUAAAACCGCCAUCUGUUGCGGAAAAAACUUCAAGUCGCCGAACCACUUCUUGUUGGCGCCUUCUUAGUCCCUUUAACCUCGGAAGAGAUGAUUGACGUAAUCUCCAACGGAUCCUUCGGUUAUUGCUAUCCCGAAAAUUUUGGGGCGCCAUCAUGGCGAAUCUUUAUCUUUUUUGGCAGUUACCCACUCGUGGCGCCCUCGAUCCCAGCGCCUGACCUUGCCAUGACAAAUGAAGAUGAUAUGUGUCACAAGUGCACACUUGAAGUUUGCCAUCAUGUUCUAACUUCUAUGCCGGUGGCUGUGGAGGAACAAGUGUGUCGUGACGAGGGUGGUGUUGGCUAAUUGAGGUAUGAACCNNNNNNNNNNNNNNNNNNNNNNNNNNNNNNNNNNNNNNNNNNNNNNNNNNNNNNNNNNNNNNNNNNNNNNNNNNNNNNNNNNNNNNNNNNNNNNNNNNNNAAAAAAGGACUCUUGUAAAACCCUAAGGGACUUUGACCCUGUAUAUGAAGGGCGAGUCCCAGGGGAAGGAGAGGGGGAGGUUAGAAAUCAUCGAGUGCUUAGGGUCAGGCGAGUUACGCCCCCCUUGUAAUCGAAAACACCAUCAAUACAAAACACCAAAMCAGGGACGUAGGCCUUUACCUCCUAACGAGGGGCCGAACCUGGGUAAAUCUCUGGCCUCGCUCCCCGCAUAMCCCCUUUUGAGUUGCCACCAAGAUGCGAUGGGCUCCAACACUAAGUACUUUCACGAGGACAUCUGCCGUGACAAAACAACGACACCUUCCACCAGCCCAGUCGCAUGGGCUUAGGUGGGGAGGGGCGCCCAGCCCACCAGGCGCUGGUAUGCACUCUUCUCAGCCCAUGUGGCCCCUCGGGGCAGGUCGGACCCUUUCAACACUCCUGGUACUCUGAGGUAAUGCCCGAACUUUCCGGUGACCAAAAAUGGAACUUCCUGUAUAUGAAUAUUUACCUCCUACCUAUUUUGAAGAUCCUAAAUCCCUUAAACUUAAGAGAAUAUGUACUCAUCAUCAGAGUGGUCUGAUCGCGCGAAGAAAACUUUACAUCCAUCUGAUAAGUGGGGANAUUACUGUCCAGUGUCUUAUGGUACAUAGCAAUGAUNNNNNNNNNNNNNNNNNNNNNNNNNNNNNNNNNNNNNNNNNNNNNNNNNNNNNNNNNNNNNNNNNNNNNNNNNNNNNNNNNNNNNNNNNNNNNNNNNNNNGAGAGAGAGAGAGAGANAGAGUAGAGGAGAGAGAGAGAGAGAGAGAGAGAGACGAGAGAGAGAGAGAGUAGAGAGAGAGAGAGAGAGAGAGAGAGAGAGAGAGAGAGAGACGACGACGACGUACGUCGUCUCUCUCUCUCUCUCUCUCUCUCUCUCUCUCUCUCUCUCUCUCUCUUCUUCUUCUUCUUCUUCUUCUUCUUCUCUCUCUCUCUUCUUCUUCUUCUUCUUCUCUCUCUCUCUCNCUCCUCCUCCUCUUCUCCUCUUCUUCCUCCGCUUCUUCUUCUUCUUCCUCUUAUUUCUAGUUCUAUUUUUCUUUAUCCUCUUCUUCUACUUAUUCUUCUUUUCUUCUUUUUUUCUCUUCUUCUCCUUAUUUUCUUCUUCUUAUCUUCUUCUCUUAUUCUUUUCUACUUCUCCUUCUUAUUUCUUUUCUUCGCCUCUUCUUCUUCUCCUUCUUAUUUUUUUUCUCUCCUCUUCUUCUUCUUCUUCUUCUUCUUCUUCUUCUCCUUCUUUAUUUUUUCUCUUCUUCUUCUUCUUCUUCUUCUACUUCUUCUCCUCCUCCUCCUYCUCNCNCCNCNCNCUACNCNCUCUCUCUCUCUCUCUACUCUCUCUCUCUCUCUCUCUCUCUCUCUCUACUNNNNNNNNNNNNNNNNNNNNNNNNNNNNNNNNNNNNNNNNNNNNNNNNNNNNNNNNNNNNNNNNNNNNNNNNNNNNNNNNNNNNNNNNNNNNNNNNNNNNGACUGGUUCUUUACGUCUCUGAAUUGGACUACCUCCUUUCCCAACACUUUGGUAUGUCCCUUGCCAUGGCCUGUAUCCGAUCAUAUUCCCUGUUCGGUCGAAAUAGAAACCAACAUUCCACGCAACAAAACGUUCCGCUUUGAAACAUACUAGAUUGCCCACCGAGGGUUUAUGGAGACAGUCUCGCUAGCAUGGAAUAAACCCGUCAAACAUGGUCAGAAUAGCAAUGCAACAACGAUAAUCUGUCAGAAACUUACAGCUGUUCGAUUUGCACUAUGAAGAUGGAGUAGCGGUAUCUCCCGCCUUAAGGUAGCAACCAUCAACACCAAUAAGGCGUUGCUGGAGUUAGACUCCCUCAAAGAUCGACGUACUCUCACCACGCCAGAAUGAAACUUCCGACGCGUCCUCAAAAAUCACCUUCUCAGGUUGCUAAAAUACCAGAAAGAAUACUGGGGCAAGAGAUGCUCCAUCAGAUGGAUCAAGUUUGGAGAUGAAAACACAAAGUUUUUUCAAACAGUGGCAACUGAACGGUAUCGACGCAACUUUGUGGCUACACUCAGAACUGAUGCAGGGAUCGUGGUUGAGACACAUGCCAGCAAGGAGGCUCUCCUGUUUGACACCUAUAGAAGAAGGAUGGGCGCGGCAAGAGCUCCCGAUAUACGGUUUGAUUGAACGCAACUACGGCGACAAGGCAUCGACUUUGAAGUUCUUACGAUCCCCUUUGCACAAGAGGAAAUAGACCCUGUAGUGAAAGAGAUGCCAGCUGACAAAUCUCCAGGGCCGGACGGUUUUAACGGCGCCUUUCUUAAAACUUGUUGGCAUAUCAUCAAGAAAGACUUCUAUGAUCUUUGUGACGAAUUCCACCGAGGUAAUCUCAACUUGGAACCUCUGAAUUAUGGGCACAUCACGCUCAUCCCCAAGACGGCUUCUCCUGAGACAGUGAACGACUAUCGUCCCAUUACCCUGCUUAACUGCUGCCUCAAGAUGAUCACCAAGAUACUGGCGCAGCGACUCCAGAAGAUCAUUCUACAGAUUGUGCAUUAAAACUAGUAUGGGUUCCUCCGUGGUAGAUCUAUACAUGACUGCUUGGCAUGGGCUUUCGAGUAUAUACACCAAUGUCAAAGCUCUCGAAAUGAUAUAGUCCUGCUUAAAUUAGACUUUGCUAAAGCUUUUGAUACGGUUGAACAUUCGGCUAUGAUCACCAUCAUGCAACGUAUGUGGUUUAAUUCAAAGUGGAUCCAAUGGAUGCAAUGCAUCUUCUCGUCUGGAAAAUCAUCGGUAUUACUGAAUUGAGUCCCUAGUAAACAAUUCCCCUGCAGAUGUGGAGUAAGACAGGGAGACCCUCUCUCACCAUUGAUAUUUGUGCUGGCGGCGGACAUACUCCAAACAAAGAUUAACAAACAACUAAAUUUGGGCUUGUUAUCCCACCCUAUCGACACAAGAGGCGAUGCUGACUUUCCAGUAAUCCAAUAUGCCGAUGACACCAUCAUCAUCAUGCACGCGUGUGAUGUCAAGGCUGCGAGAAUGAAAAGAAUACUAGAUGACUUCGCCACGACGAUAGGGCUCGGGAUUAACUAUCAGAAAUCAACCCUAGUUCCUAUCAAUGUGACUCAAUAGGUAUGUGACAACAUCAUCUCGAUCUUUCGUUGUGCGCAGGCAACAAUGUCGUUCACCUAUCUAGGGCUCCCGCUGGGUACAUCUAAACCUAAUUUCCUGGAUAUGACACCGUUAGUCUGUAAAGCGGAGAGGAAAAUCACAGCUGCCAUGGCGCUGAUGUCGCAUGCGAGCAUAUUGGCCUUGAUGAACUCACUGGUCACGUCGCUACUCGUGUACCCAAUGUGGACCCUCAGAAUCCCCCCAACGAUUGUAGAACAAUUUGAUAAACUCCGGAGGACGUGCCUAUGGAGAAAAAAGACUGAAGAUGGAUUCAAAAGUAAUACACUAGUGGCGUGGAACGCAGUUUGCCGCCUGAAAGAGUAUGGCGGCCUAGGGGUCCUGAACCUCAAACUACAGAAUGACGCGAUGCUUCUAAAGAUGCUUCACAAGUUCAACAACAGAAAAUAAAUCCCAUGGGUAGCAUUGAUCUGGAACACACACUACGGGGGAGCAAUCCCCCAUGCGCAAGAUCGUUGUGGCUCUUUCUGGUGGCGAGAACUGACUAAACUUAUGCCGGUGUUCCAAGGUAUAAAGCGAGUCAAUGUUAACAAUGGUCUCUCAACGCUCUUUUGGAAAGACAACUGGAACAAUGCCGUAUAUGCAGAAAAGUUCCCUCGGGCUUUCUCCUUUGCUAGAACUGAAGAUGCCUCGGUUCAGAACUUCUUGGGGACUAGCUCGCUUCAAGAAGCCUUCUCGCUGCCCCUGUCAGAACAAGCGCAUAAUGAACUCAGAAUGAUGCAACAAGAAAUCAGAGACGUGCAGCUAAACCCUAGGGGAGAUGACUGGGUGUGUUCUUGGGGAGCUGGCACCUUUGAAACGGUAGCAUAUCGACGUUUCUAUUUGAAAGAGACUACGGUGCACCCAGCGUUUCACUGGCUGUGGAAAACAAAGUGUGUCCCAAAGAUCAAGGUAUUUGGAUGGUUUUUGCUGAUGGACAGGCUCAACACAAGGAAUAUGCUCAAACAGAGACAUUACAACAUAGGGGAUACUCUCGAUUGCAUGCUAUGCGAUCGACACAUGGAGGAAACACUGGAACAUCUCUUCUUCAAAUGCAGCUUUAGCCAGCGCUGUUGGAAUAUGCUCAACAUCAAAUGGUCAGAACAACAACAUAGACUAGAGAAACUACAACAUCAGAGGACAACACACCCCAGGGACAUGUUCAUGGAUAUUUUUCUGGUGGCAGCCUGGAGUCUAUGGAAGGAAAGAAAUAACAAGUGCUUUGAGCAAAUAACCCCAUCUCUUGGGGCCAGCCGACGUCAGUUUGUACCAGACAUCUCCAAUCUUAGACACCGUGUGCCUACUAGCAAAGUGCAAAACAUAGAUAACAUUGUGGCAACCCUAGCUGAUAUCACGUAAUAUGUAACCUCACCCUGCCCACCUCCCCCCUCCCCCCCAUCCCCAUUCCACCCCCUCCCCAUCAUGUACAUGUGUAACUAUUGGCUUUAUAUAUACAUGCAGUAGGAUUUUAUCCUACUGUCUUACACUCAAAAGAAAGCAAGCAAGUUGGAUGCACACCCACUAGUUUUCUUUAAGAGCUUUCACAUAGUCUUAGCUCUAGUGCAUCAUUUGUAUGGCAAUCCCUACUCAUUCACAUUGAUAUCUAUUGAUGAGCAUUUCCAUAGCUCAUUGAUAUGCCUAGUCAAUGUGACCAUCUUCUCCUUGUUUGCCUUGCAACCUCCACCACACUCCACUCCACUUAUAGUGCUAAAACCAUGGCUCACGCUCAUGUAUUGCAUGAGAGUUGAAAAAGUUUGAGAAAGUAAAGGUGUGAAAACAAUUACUUGGCCAAUACCAAGGUUGUGCAUGAUUUAAAUUCGUUUUGCAAUGAUGAUAGAGCAUAGCCAGACUAUAUGAUUUUGUAGGGAUAACUUUCUUUUGUCCUUGUUAUUUUGAAACUUCAUGAUUACCUUGCUAGUUUGCUUGAAGUAUUAUUGUCUCCACGUCAAUAGAAAACUAUUGUUUUGAAUCUAAUGGAUCUGAACAUUCACGUCACAUAAGAGGAGUUACAAAGGACAUCUAUGCUAGCUAGCAUGAAAGCAUAAAAAUUCAUUCUUUAUCACUUCCCUACUCGAGGACGAACAGGAGUUAAGCUUGGGGAUGCUUGAAACGUCUCAAACGUAUCUAUAAUUUUUGAUGGUUUCAUGCCGUUAUCUUGUCAACUCUCGAUGUUUUAUAUUCCUUUUAUAUGUUUUUUGGGACUAACUUAUUAAUUCAGUGCCAAGUGCCAGUUCCUGUUUUUCUGUGUUUUUGACUCUUUUCAGAUCUGAUUUUGGAACGGAGUCCAAACGGAAUAAAAUCCCCAAAAUAAAAUUUUCCAGAACAGAAGAAGAUCGGUGGACUUGAGGGCCAAGGCAGGAGGCCCACAGGGAGCCCACAAGCCCUAACGCCACGGCCAGGGGGGCCCGCGGCGACUAGGCUUGUGGGCUCCUUGGCGCUCCUCUGCCCUAGCUCUUUCGCCUAUAUAUUCCCUAAAAUCCCAGAAAAAAUCAGGGCAUCCACGAAAACACUUUCCGCCGCCACAAGCUUCCGUUUCCGCGAGAUCUCAUCUCGAGACCCUUCCUGGUGCCCUGCCGGAGGGGACUUUGGAGUUGGAGGGCUUCUACAUCAACAUCAUCGCCUCUCCAAUGACUCGUGAGUAGUCCACUUCAGACCUAUGGGUCCGUAGUUAGUAGCUAGAUGGCUUCUUGUCUCUCUUGGAUCUUCAAUACAAAGUUCUCCAUGAUCUUCAUGGAGAUCUAUCCGAUGUAAUCCUCUUUGGCGGUGUGUUUGUCUAGAUCCGAUGAAUUGUGGAUUUGUAAUCAGAUUAUCUACGAAUUAUACUUGAGUCUUUGAUGAUUUCUUAUAUGCAUGAUUUUAUAUCCUUGUAAGUCGCUCCGAGUCUUGGGUUUUGUUUGGACAACUAGAUCUAUGAUUCUUGCAAUGGGAGAAGUGCUUGGUUUUGGGUUCAUACCGUGCGGUGUCCUUUCCCAGUGACAGAAGGGGCAGCAAGGCACGCAUCGUGUUGUUGCCAUCAAGGGUAACAAGAUGCGCUUUCAUCAUAGAUUUGAGAUUGUUCAUCUACAUCGUGUCAUCUUGCUUAAGGCGUUACUGUGUUCUUAUGAAAUCAAUACACUAGAUGCAUGCUGGAUAGCAGUGGACAUGUGGAGUAAUAGUAGUAGAUGCAGAAAGUAUUGGUCUACUUGUUUUGGACGUGAUGCCUAUAGAUAUGAUCAUUGCCAUAGAUAACGUCAUGACUUUGCGCGGUUCUAUCAAUUGCUCGACAGUAAUUCGUUCACCCACUGUCUACUUGCUUUCAUGAGAGAAGCCACUAGUGAACACUACGGGCCCUGGGUCUAUUCACAACUAUCGCUUCCACUUUUACUUUUACUUUGCUUUGUUUACGUUUUGCUUUCAGUUCUUACUUUGAAAAAAAUCUAUAAGGGAUUGACAACCCCUUCAUAGAGUUGGGUGCAAGCUCUUUGUGUUUGUGCAGGUACUUGUAACUUGACGCGAUCCUCCUACUGGAUUGAUACCUUGGUACUCAAACUGAGGGAAAUACUUACUGCCGCUGUGCUACAUCACCCUUUCCUUUUCAAGGGAACACCAACGCAAGGCUCCAAGGCCGCGGGGGAAUCCUUUGCAUAUUUCCCAAGGAAGUCCCUAUAGGCGUAGCACAUAGUAGAAGGAUUCCCGGUGCCGUUUCCAGGGAAUGUCUUUUGUUGCCGUAGCACAAGUCCAAGGUAUGGACUAGGUGAGAACUAUGCCCCCGUUGCUAGACUUGAAGCCAUUCACAUUCUUAUCACUUAUGAAAAUCAACAUGAUAUUACUCUUUGCCAAAUGGAUAUGAAAAGUAUUUUUUUAAAUGGUGAAAUUGAGGAGGAAGUUUUUGGCAAACAACCUCCUGGUUUUGUGAACCCUGAAAAACCUAAUCAUGUUUAAAAACUUUGUAAAUAUUUAUAUGGUCUGAAACAAGCCCCUCGAGCUUGGUACAAAUGCCUAACAAAGAGUCUCAUUGAAAAGGGUUUUGAGAUUGGUCAAAUUGACGUAGCUUUAUUCACUAGAAGAGUAAACGGCAAACUAUUUGUGUGCCAAAUAUAAGUGGAAGAUAUUAACUUUGGAUCUACUAACCCACAUUUUGGUGAGAAAUUUGGAAGGUUGAUGUCACACAAGUAUGAGAUGUCCAUGAUGUGUGAUCUGAAAUUCUUCCUUGGUUUGCAAAUCAAACAAUCGAGAGCAGGUACGUUUAUCUCUCAAACCAAGUACACCAAGGACUUAAUCAAGAAGUUCAACAUGAAAGAGUGUAAAGUUAUGAGAACCCCAAUGCCUACUAUUGGACAUGUUGACCUCACGAAGGAGGACAAACCGAUUGAUCAAAAGGUUCGUUGAUAAAUGAUCGGUUCAUUGCUAUAUCUAUGUGCCUCCCGUCCCAAUGUCAUGUUGAGUGUUUGCAUGUGUGCCUGAUAUCAAGCGACACCUAAGGAUUGUUAUCUAAAGGUUGUGAAAAGAAUUGUGAGAUACUUGAUACAAACACCAAACUUUGGCAUAUGGUAUCCUAAGGGAUCUUCUUUUAGUCUUGUUGGAUAUUCCGACUCGGACUAUGCCAGAGACAAUAUUGAUAGAAAAUCCACCUCGGGUACAUAUCAAUUUCUUGGGAGGUGUCUUGUGCCUUGGUCAUCCAAGAAACAAAACUUGGUAUCUCUAUCCACUAGCGAAGCAUAAUAUAUUGCCUCCAGAUCAUGUUAUGCGCAUUUACUAUGGAUGACGCAAACUCUUAAGGAUUAUGGUAUUCAUGUGAAACAUGUUCCAUUGUUGCGUUAUAGUGGAAGUGCUAUUAAAAUUGUUCAUAAUCCACUAAACAUUCACGAACUAAACAUAUUCAAGCGCGACAUCAUUUCAUUCGUGAUCAUGUUGGUAAAGGAGAUAUUAAUCUCAAGCAUGUUCGUACCAACAAACAAUUGGCUGAUAUCUUUACAAAACCACUUGAUGAGAAAGUGUUUUCCAUUUGAGGAGUGAGUUGACCAUCAUAUAUAGAUGCUUCAAACUCGAGCUAGACUCACUCGGAUGCAUGCAAGGGCAUGAGCUUACCUUAUUAUUUCAUGAUGCUAUUGAUGUGACACUAUCUUAUAUCUUGGAAAACUAUGCUCCCUUGUAUUGCAUCUAACCUUACUUUAGGUACUUGGAAGAAUUACAAUUCACAAGAUUUCCAUCAACUCACAUCAAACGCAAUCUUGUCAUGGCCAAGUAUCAACAACCCCUUCUUCGAAUAUGAAGGAAGAAGAAAACAAAAUCAUAUCCUUGACAACUACUUGAUGAAUGGAUUCACUCUUGUCAUUUGGACAUAUAAUGUUCUUCCUUGCAUGCGUAACCAAUGUAGGUGAAAAGUGAACCAAAACGACAAGGAUCACUCUCGACUCAAGAUGAUCUUCAUCAACAUUGAGCAUCCACAACAAGUUCACCUACAUGCCACAUCAUCAACAUCAUUCAAAGGUAUGUACUCAUAUCCUUGAUAAAACUUUACACCAAGUCAUGAGGUAAAGCAACUCAAGUGAUAUGAAGACAUCAAAAUGCUUAAUCCAAAAAUGGCACCCCCAUUUUGCACUUAACGAUGAGUAUGACCUAUGAUCAAGCAUUCUUCCUUGACUCCUCAAGUCAAUACACUCUAAUAUAGUUGACCUAGUCACCGACAAACAUCUAGAUGGAGAUUCUUGUAUGGUUCUUAUUUUAAAUUGCAUACUUUCUUGGAACCAUUCAAUUCUCAUCUUAAUCAAAAAAAAUAUUUUCUCUUGGUUUAUUUUUUAAAUAUUUGCAUAUUUCCUUUUUCAAAGUUUGUAUAUAUUUCCUAUCUAUGUGAGUUGAGCACCUAAAUCUCAUUGCAACUUGGUCACACCAAUAUGGGGAACUAGGUCUAACCAAUUUCACCUAGGGGCCUUCUACCAUUCUCGGUUCUACUGAACCAUAUUACCUCGGUGAUUCCGAAUUUAUCAUUGCUUAUGUACUCUUGGUUAUUAUGAACUUUUGACAAAGAGGGAGAAUCUAUUCAGUGAUCGCAAAGUUUAUUACAUCCUAAUCUUUUAUAGAUUAUUUCCAUUGAUGCCAAAGGGGUACACCUUGGUUUCCCAUAAUUCUCAAGGGGGAGAAAAACAUCAAAGCGGGAGAAAUAUUCAGUGAUCUGACAAUACAAGAGGGAGAAAAUGUCUAGGAACCCUAACAAAUAGCGGGAGAUAUUUAAAGGAACUUUUAUCCAUACUCAAGGGGAGAUCAUUGUGGGAACCUUUAUCACAGGAAAAUAAUAUAGGAUCCCUUACUCUCAAUGACCCCUUACCCUCUCACAUUUUUUUGGAAAUUAAUACUAAAGGGGGGAGAUAUAUCAAAGCUUCUAAAUGCUUAUACCAAAAGGGGAGAUCUACCAAAGGGGAGAUCUCCAUAGGGGUGAUAUACCAUACCUUACACAUUCAGGGGAGAACUACCAUUGAGGGGGAGAUAUUUAAAGAUUUAGUUGAGUUUUAUUGCCUACUUUGGAUUGAAUUUGUCUCUCCACCUACUCCCAAUAUUUACAUGCUAUGAUUCGGGAGUAGAGGUAAUCUUACAUAUUCAUUCUGAGGGAAGAAAGUUAUAAAUAUCUUUGGAUACAUAUCUAUUAUCGAAUCUUAUUUUUAAUAUGUCUUCAACAUCUUGGUACUUUUGAAGCUCUUUGCAUCUUUACAUUAAAAUACUCUUGCGUUAUCUAACAUUUGUUUUCCCAAGUGUAUUGCUACUGCUAGGAUGCUCAAGAACCUCAAGGUAAAUAUAUGCAUCAUAUCCUUGUUCAGGAUGAUCUCUUAUCUCUUGCACAUAUUGUUUGUAAGAAUAAUGAGUGUUGAUCUUAGUAAUCUUUCAUUCACAUUUUUUUGAUGCAUAUAGCCAAGAUUCACAUGACUCAUCUUGUCCCUUCUACUAUGUGGAUGCUCAUGCAGUCCAAAGCGAACAUCUCUUAAAGGAGAUUUCACAAAUUUAGGGGGAGCUUGUAUUAGUCAUGUACCUUUCAAAGUUGUCAUAUUCCACUUCCUAUCUUUAUUUUAAGCUCUGAUUGUAUGUUGUCAUUAAUUAUCAAAAAAUGGGAGAUUUAAAGAACAUAUGAUCCCUUGGUGGUUUUGAUGAUUCAUGACAAAAUACAUUGUCUCUUGGACUAACAUUAUUACCUAGUAUAUUUCAGGUAUAGUCCACAAAGAGCAUUGGCUAAAGUAUUGUGUGGAGAAGCCCCAACGAAAGGAAUAGGAUUGGUUAAGCCUCAAGCAAGAGGACUCUACAUUUUAUAUUUGUGGGAAAUCACUUUUGAGUCCAUAGGAAAGCCAAUACUAUUAAAAGGACGAUGUAUUUAUGAUGAAUUGGUUUCUCAAUUGCUUAGAGAUAGGCACCAAAAAAAUUCAGUCAUUCUCCCACGAAUAUAUUUGUUCAAAGCCUUCACAUCAAAAUAGGUGCCACCAGGAAUUCUAUUUCGUCCCUACCGGUUUUCCCAGUGAGAGAUCCGUUGCCAAACCCUAAUCUCUCGGUACCACCAACUUUCAUAUCAGUGCCACCAAAAGACAGUGACCAACUUUAUGGUAUCUCUGUUUCAAGAAUCGGUAUUUCUGAGAUUGAACUCGGUACCAACGAGAAUUGGAAACUACCCUAGGUCAUCGAAUUGGUACCAACGACAUUUGUAUAUUGGUCUCACCAAGAACUCAAAAGUUGCCACAUUUAGUGCAAAUCGGUACCAUCGAGAUUCAUUUUGGUGUCACCGAGUUGGGCAAUAAUGUUGUAACGGUUGGAUUUUUGGAGAUGCCUAUAUAUAACCCUCCACCUCCUCUCAUUUGCAGAGGAAGCACUCAUGACACACUUACACUUGCCAUAUCCAUUUUUCUAAGAGAGAACCACCUACUCAUNAAGAUAUUCCAAUCCAACCGUUUGAAACUUGAUAUCUAUUCUCCUCAAGUUGCUUUCCACCAAAUCAAUCUCUCCUUCCCAUGACAAAUCUGUGAGAGAGUGAUUGAGUGUUGAGGAGACUAUCUUUUGAAGCACAAGAGUAAGUAGUUCAUCGUUCUACCGCAUCUACUACCUUUUGGAGGGUGGUGCCUCCUAGAUUGGUUAGGUGUCGCUUGGUAUCCUCCUACUUCGUGUUUUGGAGUUGAACUAAGAAGUUUGUACAUGCAAGGAGAUUGCCUACUUCGUGAAGAUCUACCCUGAGUGAGGCUAGUCAUGUGUGGACGUAAGCCAUGGUGGAAUAGACAAGGCCGGUUCUUUGUGGACCCCUUCUGGGUGGAGCCCUCCGUGGGCUCUCGUAACCGUGACCCUUCGUGGGUUGAAGUCUCCACUAGCAUGGACAUACGAUAGCACCACCCAUCGAAACCACGUCAAAAAUCACCGUGUCUUCUAUGCGUUUGAUCUUCCUAAACACUACGCCUUACUUAUACGUGCAAUGUCUUUACUUUCCGCUACCAUAUAUGUUGACUAGAAUGUGUAGGGUGCACUAGACUUGUUAGAAAUGCUAAAAUUUUCCAACCACUAAAAUUGGGAAAAUUCUAGGAUUUUAAUUUAUGCAAGUAGUCUAUCUACCCCCUCUAGACAUCCCUUCGAGUGAUCCCAUAGAACACGUACAAACAAGGUUGGGGCAAUCUCCACAACUUAAUUGGAGGCUCCCAACAACAACACGAAGCUUCAUCAUAAUGAAUUGUGGGUCCAAGAUUACCUCAAAUGCUCGAGGCAAUCUCCACAACCUAAUUGGAGACCCCGGACGCUUGCUCGGAGCUUUACACCACAAUGAUUGAGCUCUGAGGCACCACCAACCAUCUAGGGCGCCAAAGCACCCAAGAGCCACAAGCUCUAGGGUUCCCAAACACGCAAGAGUAAUAAGCUUCUCGAACUUCACUUCCACGUAUCGCUGUGGAGAACUCAAAUCGAUUCACCAAAUGCAAUGGCAAGAAGAAAUGAACUGGUCAAGUCCCUGAUACGUCUCCAUCGUAUCUACUUUUCCAAACUCUUUUGCCCUUGUUUUGGACUCUAAUUUGCGUGAUUUGAAUGGAACUAACCCGGACUGACGCUGUUUUCAGCAGAAUUGCCAUGGUGUUGUUUUUGUGCAGAAAUGAAAUUUCUCGGAACAUCCCGAAAAUUUACGGAGAAUAUUUCUCGAAAAUAUGAAAAAUACCUACACAAAGAUCCACCGGAGGGGACGGGCCAGUGGGCUACAAGCCCUGACGCCGCGGACUCCCCCCCUGGCCGCGGCAACCAAGCUUGUGGGGCCCACGUGGCUCUGCCGCCCCCAACUCCAGCGCUAUUUAUUCCCUUUCGUCCCAAAAAAAUCAAGAGAGAAGAUUUCAUCGCAUUUGCAACAUGGAGGCGCCGGCACAUCCUGUUCUUCAUCUGGAGGGCACAUCUAGAGUCAGUUUUGGGCUCCGGAUCAAGGAGAUCGUCGCCAUCGUCAUCAUCAACCUUCUUCCCUCUCCAAUUCCAUGAAGCUCUUCAUCGUUCCUGAGUAAUCUAUUUGUAGGCUCGCUGGGCGGUGAUGAGUAGGAUGAGAUCUAUCAUGUAAUUGAGUUAGUUUUAACGGGGAUUGAUCCCUAGUAUCCACUAUGUUCUGAGAUUGAUGUUGCUACUACUUUGCCAUGCUUAAUGCUUGUCACUAGGGCCCGAGUGCCAUGAUUUCAGAUCUGAAAUUAUUAUGUUGUCACCAAUAUAUGUGUGUUUUAGAUCCGAUCUUGCAAGUUGUAGUUACCUACUAUGUGUUAUGAUCCGGCAACCCCGGAGUGACAAUAACCGGAACCACUCCCGGUGAUGACCAUAGUUUGAGGAGUUCAUGUGUUCACCAAGUGCUAAUGCUUUGGUCCGGUUCUUUAUUAAAAGGAGAAACUUAAUAUCCCGUAGUAUCCAUUUGGACCCCGCUGCCACGGGAGGGAUGGACAAUAGAUGUCAUGCAAGUUCUUUUCCCUAAGCACGUAUGACGACACACGGAAUGCCUGCCUACAUCACAUUGACGAACGGGAGCUAGCAACAUAUCUCUCCGUGUUAUAACUGCUACAUGAUGAAUGGCAUCCAACAAAUCACCGAUCCAUUGCCUACGAGUUUGUCCCACUGCUGCUGUUACUUGUUUUGCUCUGCUGCUGUUACUACUGUUGCUGCUACUGUUACUUGCUUUGUCCUGCUGCUGCUGCCACUACUGUUGCUAAUACUGUUACUUGCUACUGUUGUUACUUGCUACUGUUGCUACUUGCUACUGCUGUCACUACUGCUGUUCCUUGCCACUGCUGCUACUCGUUACACUGCUACUACCUGCUACAAUACUUUUUCUAGCACCGUUGCCGGGAAAGAAUAUUUCCCGUCCACGGGCAACUUACUGGCGCCAUUGAAACAACAGUUAGGAAUAAUCUGCCGUCAACAGAUCGUUUCUGGCACCGUUGUUAUCAUACUACUUUCUACUGAUACUUUGCUUGCACACACUAAUCUUUCAGGUGUGGUUGAAUCUGACGCAUUCAGCUGCUAAUACUUGAGAAUAUUCUUUCACUUCCCGUCGUGCGAACCAACAAAUUUGGGUUGAAUACUCUACCCUCGAAAAUUGUCGCGAUCCCACGCGCUGGUGGGCUAUUGCAAGACAAUUUCUAAUUGUUGAGCAACUGGAAGCAGCACUUUUCUGGCUCCGUUGCCAUGGAGGCAUCAAGUCAGGAAUAGUUGCACGUCAACAACAUUUUUCUGGCGCCGUUGCCGGGGAAGGAUUGAUAUAUUCUCUGAGUCACUUGGGAUUUAUAUCUGUUGAUCACUAUGAAGAAUGUGAAAGAUCCAAAAACCAAAGUCAUGCCCUCAACUACGAGGGGAGGUAAGGAACUGCCAUCUAGCUCUGCACUUGAUUCACCUUCAGUUAUGAGUAAGUUUGCGACACCACCUCCUGCUAGAAAACUUGAUAUGUCGCCUGUGCUUGAUGAUGCUUAUGAUGCUACUCCUAGAGAUACUAUGCCUCAUGAUGCUAGAGAUGCUAUGCCUGAUACUGCUAGAGAUGCUAUGCCUGAUAUUGCUAGAGUUGCUAUGCUUGAUACUGCCUUGCCCGAUGAUGCUAGAUAUGCUAUUUUUCCUGAUGAUGCUAUGCUUGAUACUGCUACAGAUACUACUUUGCCUGAUGUGCCACUAGGGGCAUUCCUUGAUGCUCAUAUUGCAAGAGUUACUGCCAAUUCUCGUGAUGCUUCUGAAACUGCCAAUACUAUUGAGAUAGAACCUGCUUUUGCUCCUGCUAGAUCUAGCUCUCCUAGAUAUGAAUUGCCUGAUAUACCAGAGGGUUAUGUUAUGGAGGGAGAGAUAGCUGAGGAUUUUCUUGCGUGUAAGGAUGCCUAUGACGCUGAGAAAUCACUUCUCAAGUGGAAGGAAAAAUCUCUGAAAGCUAGGAUGAAAUACGACCCAAAGUUUGCCACUUCACCUAUCUUUAUCACCGAUGAGGAUUAUGAAUUCUCUGUCGACCCUGAGAUAAUCUCUCUAUAUGAAUCUGAUCCUUUCCACAGUUAUGAGUCUGAGACGGUCGUAGCCCAUCUUACCAAACUACACGAUAUAGCCACCCUUUUCACUAGUGAGGAGAAGAUCCGCUACUACUAUAUCCUUAAGUUAUUUCCUUUCUCUCUAAAGGAUGACGCUAAAGCCUGGUUCACUUCUCUUGCUCGUGGAUGUGUGAGUAGUCCCCAGGAGAUGGUCUAUUACUUCUGUGAGAAAUAUUUCUCUUCCCAUAAGAAGCAAGCUGCCUUGUAGGAAAUAUACAACUUUGCUCAACACAAAGAAGAGAGUCUCCCACAAGCUUGGGGGAGGCUCAUCCAGCUACAGAAUGCUUUGCCUGAUCACCCUCUUAAGAAGAACGAGAUACUUGAUAUCUUCUAUAACGGACUUACCGAUGCUUCUAGAGACCACCUAGAUAGUUGUGCCGGUUGUGUUUUUAGGGAACGAACUAUAGAACAAGCUGAGAUCCUACUGAAUAACAUCUUGAUCGACGAUAAUGCUUGGACUAUUCCCGAACCACCUCCUAAGCCAACUCCGAAGAAAAUAGGUAUUCUAUUCGUCAGUCCUGAAGAUAUGCAAGAAGCCAAGAAAUCUAUGCAAGAGAAAGGCAUUAGAUCUGAAGAUGUCAAAAAUCUACCGCCCAUCGAAGAGAUCCAUGGUCUCGAUAAUCCGAUACAGGUAGUAGAAGUAAAUUCUCUGUGUAGGUUUGAUGAGAGUGAUAUUCCUUUUGACAAACCUGCUAGCCUAUGCUUUGAUGAAUUUGACAACUUUGUUGCCAAACAACAGAGUUUCAAUGAUUAUGUUAGCAGACAAUUGUAACAAAGUACUCGUAUGCUUAGUCAUUUAAGUGCUUGUGUAGACAGAAAUGUCAAUGAUCUGAAGCUUCUGAGUAAACAUGCCUCUAUGAUUACUAAUCAGGUAGAACAAGUACUUAAAGCUUAGAAUGACUUGCUCAAUGAAUUAAAUGACAAAUCUGUCAGAGUCAUUACUAGAGGAGGCAAAAUGACUCAGGAACCUUAGUAUCCUGAAGGCCAUCCUAAGAGAAUUGAUCAAGAUUCUCAAGGAAUUAAUGCUGAUACACCCACUCAUCCUAAGAAGAAGAAGAAGGAUGAUAGAAACCUACAUGUCAAUUCACCAAAUACCGUCACACCUGAAGAACCAAAUGAUAUUUCUGCGUCUGAUGCAGAAACACAAUCUGGUGACGAACAUGAACCUGGUGACAAUAUGGACAGCGAUGUUCAUAAUAAUGCUCAACCUAGCAAUAAUGAGGAUGUAGAGAUUGAACCUACGGUUAAUCCUGAUAACCCACAACCUAAUAGAUACGAUAAGAAUGACUUCACUGCUAGGAAUCAUGGUAAAGAAACGGAGUCAUGGGUUCAGAGACCUAUGCCCUUUCCUCCUAAGCCAUCCAAGAAAAAGGAUGAUGAGGAUUUUGAGUGCUUUAUUGAAAUGAUAAGACCCGUCUUUCUGCAGAUGCGGUAAAUUGAUAUGCUCAAAAUGUCUCCAUAUACCUUGCUCCUAAGAAACAUGGUGAUCCCGGAGUGCCCACUAUACCUUGCUCCAUUAAAGGAAACUACGUAAGAACUGCCUUAUGUGACCUUGGAGGUGGUGUUAGUGUUAUGCCUCUCUCCCUUUAUCGUAGACUUGAACUGGAUAAGUUGACACCCACUGAAAUUUCUCUGCAAAUGGCCGACAAAUCAACUGCUUUCCUUGUCGGCAUUUGCAAGGAUAUGCCUAUUGUGGUUGCUAACACCACUAUCUUAACAAACUUUGUUAUCUUGGAUAUUCCCGAGGACGAUGCCAUGGCUGUCAUCCUUGGAAGACCCUUUUUAAACACUGCAGGGUCUGUUAUAGAUUGCUACAAAGGCAAUGUCACCUUCCAUGUCAAUGGUAAUGAGCAUACAGUGCACUUUUUGAAGAAAUGAUAUCAAGUACAUUGCAUCAAUGCUAUCGAAAAACUUCAUCGAUUCUUAUUGGGAGCUUUGAAUGCCCUAUUCCCCGUGUCAAGAUGAAGUAUGAUUUGCUUGUUGGGGAGAUACAUAUCCCCAUUGAGGUGACCUAGUGACUAUUCAAAAAUUCUCCGUUCUCUUUUGCGAUUCGAGAAAAUUUUGUCAUGAGGAUUUGAUAAACCCCAUUGACGGAUUUCUUUCGAUGACCAUGAAAUGGAUGAAUCAAAGAGUUACAUGCCUCUGUUUUAAGCUUUUACUUUCUGUUGCUUAGAAGAAAAAUGAUAGAUUUAGUUUAGUUUUCCCUAUUUCCUGUUUUAGCGUCCCGGAGAAAAGUACCCCAAAAAUAAAAUUUCUCCGAUGGUCCUGAAAAUCAAAUAUGAUUUUUUCUGGAAUAUUUGAAAAAUACUGGGACUGAGAGCUGGCCUGGGGGCCACACCAGUGGGCACAAGCCCUGUCACUGCGGCCUCCCCCCUGGCCGCGGCAACCAAGCUUGUGGGGCCCACAGGGACCCCCUCCACUCAUUCCAGCUCCCAUCCUCUUCUUCUACCUCCAGAAAAAAUCGUUUCACAGCUCAAACCCGUGUUCUUGCUCAUUUGGCUGUGAUUUUCGAACUCCUUGCUCAAAGCACCAUUCUCCGAACCGUUUUGGGGAAAUUACUCCUUGGUAAGUGACUCCUCCAUUGGUCCAAUCAGUUUCUACUCUAGUGCUUUAUCCUUACCGUAUUCUUGCUACCUUGGUGACCCUGUUCUUGAGCUUGAAAUGUUGGUUUUAGCUGGUCCCAAGCAGUUUUAACGCGUGAUACGGUCUCUAGGCAUUAGUAGGAGUAGUUGCUACAAGGUGUGGUUGGUCUUUAUUCACUUUUCUCUUGAACUUCAAAAAUUUCAGCAAAAAUAAAUUAUGUUCAGGAGGAAGUUUCAUGGUGGUUCCUCAAGUAAGAAGGGUCCCCGUCUUUCUAUUCGGGAGCCCGAUCCUUAUCAACUAAGAUAAGCACCGGUACAACCAUGUGAAUGGCCUUCCGAUGAGUUCAUGAUCGAAGCAGGCUUCAAGGAUGAGUUUGAUACACUUGUCUGCAAUGUCGGGUUAGAAGAAUUCCUCUCAAAUAAAUGUGAACAGUAUGCUUUGCUCACUGCCUCUUUCGUGUGUAGAUUUAAAUUUUUAGUUGGGCGUGACUCAUCCAUACCGUUUGACCUGUAUGAUAAAUCCUACGCCAUGGAUUUGGAGGAUUUCAAUAGGAUUUGCAAGAUACCCGAUGGGGGAAAUCUUAAAGAUCCUGCUAAGUCUUCGGUUAGAGAUUUUGUCUCUAGUAUAACUGUUGGAGAAACUAGAGACAUCACGCAAGCUACCAUAGGAAGCAUUCAUUUCCCUGGCUUGCACUACUUUUCCCUCUUCAUAGGUAAUGCAUUAACGGCAAGGUUGAACAUUGUCACCUAUGCGCAUCCGACCUUAGUAUCCUUAAGAGCGCAGUGACGGGUGACAAAAGCUUCAACAUGGGAGCUAUUAUAGCAAGGAGGAUGAAUAAGAAUGCUAUUGAUGGGGAUUUCUUUGGCGGCAUCUAUGCCACUUGCAUAGCAAAUUUUCUUGGAGUACCCAUCCGCGCAGGAGAUCCCCCGCUCCAUACAGCUUUCCUUGACCACGUCGCUAUGACACGCUACCAGUUCCUUGAGAGGGAUGAUGAAUCCCUCCUAUACCGAUUGAUAUUUAACCGGCAACGUGUUUUCCAUAUUACCCUUCCUGCUCCUGCUUUGUUUGACUUUCAGGUAAAACGGAGAUACUACAUAACCAUAGGAGAGGCAUAGGAGUAUGAGAGGGAGGCGACGGCUGCUCGUCUCUGUGAGGCAACUAUUUAGGCAGUGGCUGCAGCGCUCCCGUAUAACCCCGAUUAUGAUUUUGGGUUUUGCCAGGACCGUCCUUGGGAGUAGACCAAGCGAGGCCAAAAGCCUAAGCUUGGGGGAGUACGUGUUUGCACCAACUUUACAUUCAAGCUUAUGCUUUCACUUUGUUAGUCAGUGUUUACACUUUGCCACUGUAUUAUCCAUGCUAGUUUAUUUUCGUUUUCUUGUUUUGUGUCAUUUUGAGAAAACCCAAAAGUAUUUUUCUUUCUUCUUUUGCUUGCUGGGAGCUUUCUCGUGUAAAUAGUUUUCUUUUUCUUUGUGUCAAGGUAGAAGAUAUUGGUUACAAUGUUUAGUGGUUCUUGCAUGCAUACCUGUUUAGCUUUCAAAGAGCCAUAUUACUUUGUCUUCUCCUUUGUGUUUGCCUGCAGAUUCAGCUUAGUCCAAUGCACGAGAACUCUUAUUAUUGUUCACUUCGUUCGAUCGUGCAAGUGAAAGACAAUAAUGAUGAUAUAUGAUGAAGUGACUGAGACUNUUUUUGUCCUUUGAGAAAACCCAAAAAGAUUUUCCUUUCUUCUUUUGCUUGUUGGGAGCUUUCCGUGUAAAUAGUUUUCUUUUUCUUUGGGUCAAGGUAGAAGAUAUUGGUUACAAUGUUUAGUGGCUCUUGCAUGCAUACCUAUUUAGCUUUCAAAGAGCCAUAUUACUUUAUCUUCCCCUUUGUGUUUGCCUGUAGAUUCAGCUUAGUCCAAUGCAUAAGCACUCUUAUUAUUGUUCACAUCGUUCGAUCGUGCAAGUGAAAGGAAAUAAUGACGAUAUAUGAUGAAGUGACUGAGACUGGAAAAGCUCGUAUGAACUCUAUCUAUUUUGUUUUUGUAAAUAUGGCUAGCUUGUCGUUCCAGAUUCAGCUUUGUUGAGAGAGAACCAUGUUUGCAAAAACAACUUAGAGAUCAUAGUUUUGGAUUCCAUGCUUAAUUAGCUAGGAGCUUAUAAUGGUUUGUCUUGAAUGCCAACAUGGAUUUUGAGAUGACUAUAAUGUAGUAUGAUAGGAUGGUAUUCUCCUUUGAAUGAUUCAAGUGGCUUGACUUGACGCAUGUUCAUGCAUGUAGUUGAAACAGAAUCAACAUAGCCUAUAUGAUGUUCGUGUUCAUGGUGAUUUAUAUCCUAUUCAUGCUUGCACCCAAUGUUAGUCAAACUCAUUGCAUCUUGAUGACUGUUGUCGCUCUCUAGUUGGUCGCUUCCCAGUCUUUUGCUAGCCUUCACUUGUACUAAGAGGAAUACUGCUUGUGAAUCCACUUCCAUAAACCCAAAAGUUUUUUCAUGAGAGUCCACCAUACCUACCUAUUUGCGGUAUCUACCUGCCGUUCCAAGUAAAUUUGCAUGUGCCAUUCUCUAAACCUUCAAGAAAUUUUCUAUUUUGCUUGCCCGAACCGCUCAUGUGGUGACAGGGGGCUAUUGGUAUCUUCCAUGUUAGGCGUGUUAUCCUCGACAUGUGUUUAUUCACUGUCAUUCACGAGAAAGGGGUCGGUAAUUGGAAUCCCAGUUCCACGCUUAAAUCGAAAACAUAACUCUAAAACAAGACUCCCCCCGGAUUGAUGUUAGUAUGGACGGUACCCGAGGAUUGGUUGGUGGUGGGGGAGUUAAAACUUUACUUUUCUGUUUGGGAACCGCCUAUAGCAUUAGUAGCAUGGAAGAUAUUGAGAACUCUUGGUCAUUGCGUUGACAAUGAAAGCAUGCCACCCAAAAUUAUUAUCUCUGUUUUCAAAGCUUGAGCUCUGGCACCUCUGCAAAUCAAUGCUUCCCUCUGCGAAGGGCCUGUCUAUUUAUUUUCCUAUUGAGUCAUCCUCUUCUUAUGUAGAGAGCACCUCUGUCAUUUUUAUGCUUUGCUUGUGAUUGAUAUUGAGUAUGAAUAUGAAUGGAUUUUCGUUGCUAUGAAUUACAAUGUUUAGUCAGCCCUUGAUCUUUGAAAGUGCUCUGCAUUUAUGUUUUGCGGUCUCAGAAAGAGCUAGCGAGAUAUCACCUAUUCAUAUUGCUUCAUGCUUGUUUUGAUUGAAUUGUUGGUAUCCAAAACUCAUUAUUAUUUGCUCGCUAGCUGAUUAUGCCAUUAAUAUUAGUUCACCGUGAGACCUUUGUGUCACUUGCUUAUGUGGUUAACUUGUGAUCUUGCUGAAAUUCUGGUUAUGAGUUAGACAUAGUUGCAACAACAAGAUCAGACAGAGUUUGUCAAAGUUUUUCUUUCUCUCUCAGUUUGUCAACUGAGUUGCUUGAGGACAAGCAAGGUUUUAAGCUUGGGGGAGUUGAUACGUCUCCAUCGUAUCUACUUUCCCAAACUCUUUUGCCCUUGUUUUUGGACUCUAAUUUGCAUGAUUUGAAUGGAACUAACCCGGACUGACGCUGUUUUCAGCAGAAUUGCCAUGGUGUUGUUUUUGUGCAGAAAUGAAAGUUCUCGGAACAUCCUAAAAAUUUACAAAGAAUAUUUCUGGAAAAUUUGAGAAAUACCUGCGCAAAGAUCCACCGGAGGGGACGGGCCAGUGGGCCACAAGCCCUAACGCCGCGGCCUCCCCCCUGGCCGCGGCAACCAAGCUUGUGGGGCCCACGUGGCUCUACCGCCCCCAACUCGAGCGCUAUUAUUCCCUUUCGUCCCGAAAAAAAUCAAGAGAGAAGAUUUCAUCGCGUUUGCAACACAGAGGCGCCGCCACAUCCUGUUCUUCAUCUGGUGGGCAGAUCUGGAGUCCAUUUUGGGCUCCGGAUCAAGGAGAUCGUCGCCAUCGUCAUCAUCAACCUUCUUCCCUCUCCAAUUCCAUCUAGCUCUUCAUCAUUCCUGAGUAAUCUAUUCGUAGGCUCGCUGGGCGGUGAUGAGUAGGAUGAGAUCUAUCAUGUAAUCGACUUAGUUUUGACGGGGAUUGAUCCCUAGUAUCCACUAUGUUCUGAGAUUGAUGUUGCUACUACUUCGCCAUGCUUAAUGCUUGUCACUAGGGCCCGAGUGCCAUGAUUUCAGAUCUGAAAUUAUUAUGUUGUCACCAAUAUAUAUGUGUUCUAGAUCCGAUCUUGCAAGUUGUAGUUAGCUAGUAUUUGUUAUGAUCCGGCAACCCCGGAGUGACAAUAACCGGAACCACUCCCGGUGAUGACCAAAGGUUGAGGAAUACAUGUGUUCACCAAGUGCUAAUGCGUUGGUCCGGUUCUUUAUUAAAAGAAGAACCUUAAUAUCCCGUAGUAUCCAUUUGGACACCGCUGCCACGGGAGGGAUGGACAAUAGAUGUCAUGCAAGUUCUUUUCCCUAAGCACGUAUGACGACACACAUAAUGCAUGCCUACAUCACAUUGACGAACGGGAGCUAGCCACAUAUCUCUCCGUGUUAUAACUGUUGCAUGAUGAAUGUCAUCCAACAAAUCACCGAUCCAUUGCCUACGAGUUUGUCCCACUGCUGUUGUUACUUGUUUUGCUCUGCUGCUGUUACUACUGUUGCUCCUACUAUUACUUGCUGCUAGUGUUACUUGCUUUGUCCUGCUGCUGCUGCCACUACUUUUGCUACUACUGUUACUUGCUACUGUUGUUACUUGCUACUGUUGCUACUUGCCACUGCUUCACUACUGCUGUUCCUUGCCACUGCUGCUACUCGUUACACUGCUACUACCUGCUACAAUAAUUUUUCUAGCACCGUUGCCGGGAAAGAAUAUUUCCCAUCCACGGGCAACUUACUGGCGCCAUUGAAACAACAGUUAGGAAUAGUCUGCCGUCAACAGAUCGUUUCUGGCACCGUUGUUAUCAUACUACUUUGCUACUGAUACUUUGCUUGCACACACUAAUCUUUCAGGUGUGGUUGAAUCUGACACAUUCAGCAUCUUAUACUUGAGAAUAUUCUUUCACUUCCCAUCGUGCGAACCAACAAAUUUGGGUUGACUACUCUACCCUCGAAAACUGCUGCGAUCCCACGCGCUGGUGGGCUAUUGCAAGACAAUUUCUAAUUGUUGAGCAACUGGAAGCAGCUCUUUUCUGGCUCCGUUGCCGUGGAGGCAUCAAGUCAGGAAUAGUUGCACAUCAACAGUCCCUCACACUCAAAUCCCUCCACAACAAUAGAAGCUAUGGAAGGAAAUGAGAGGAAUAAUGAAGGAUCUCACAAAGAACUCCAAGAUCUAGAUCCAAGGGGUUCCCCUCACAAAGAGGAGAAAGUGAUUGGUGGAAAUGUACAUCUAGAUCUCCUCUCUCUUUUCCAUCAAGAACUAGCAAGAAUCAUUCGAAAGAUUGAGAGUUAGCAAGCUUAAAGAAGGACACAAUGGAGGAAGAAAAUGAGCUCAAGAGUGAGGGACCAUUGGGGAAGAAGGACUCCUCAAUUAGACAUCCCAAAAUCCAACAUGCCCACAAGUCGUGCUCAAGCGGUACUACCGCUUGGGGGAAUUGGUACUAUCGCUUAUCACGGUCAAAACAGCCCAACGAGAUAGAAAAACACGAGUGGUAGUUCUGCCAAAGAGGUAGUACCGCUCGGGGGAGAGGUAGUACCUCUUAAGAGGUACUACUGCUCCGUGCCUGGGGUAAAGGUAGUACCACUUGAGAGGUACUACCUUUCUGUACUACCCCUCUACUAUCGUUGAAGAAGAUUGGACACCAGAAUCAGAAAAUAAGCGGAAGUAGAAGUGGUAAUGGUCAGCAGAAGUACCUCUUAAGAGGUACUACCGCUUGAGAGGUACUACCGCUUAAAGCAGUACUUAAGACCAACGAAAACUGAAACCUGCAUAACUGUCGGAUAGAGACUCCAAAAUGAGCAAGCUCAAGCUUGUUGGAUAGAUUACUGAUGGCACUCUCUGGCUAUGGCUAGACGAAUGCUAUUCUCGAUUGCUCAACAAUUAGAAAUUGUCUUGCAAUCACUACAAGGAAUAUGCUAAUACACGACGCUAUUUUUUCGUCGCUACAUCGUCAUGGUUUUUAAUUUACGACGAUCUCACGACGAAAACCAAGCGUCGAAAACGGAGCGUCACAAAUGAACAGCAACGACGUUUUGAUUAAAAUCGUCGUAACUUUUACGACGAUUCCUGGAUUGUCGUAAACUUUACGACGAUCCUAAAUCGUCGUUGGCAAUCAAACUCAGUCCUACGUGGCAGUCCUACGUGGCAAAAUUACGACGAAAUCAAAACAUCAUGGUUGAAAUCAGCCCAACCCAUUUCAAUUGAUCACAUGGGCUGGUUUUAAUUAUUUGGGUUUUUUCUUAUUGGGCUUGUUUUUGGGCCUUAGCCUAUUUGCAGCCACUUCUAGUAUUUUUUCAAUUUUUUUUAUAUCAUCAUAAUUUGGGCCAUGGCCUUUUAGAUCCCAAAUAAAUUUGGUCCAGUUUCAGUUUUGGCCCUUUUUCAUUUUUGAAUUCAGCAACUUUUUGUUCCAUAAUUUGGAUUCAUUUCUAUUUGCUGGGCCUUUUCAACCCAAUUAUUUGUCCAGUAUUAAAUCCAACACUAUUUCAUAUUGAAAUCAAGAAAACUUCAAGUCGAAUUAAAAUCAUCCAUGAUAUAACAUCACAAAAUACAUAUCCCAAGUUUACAUAUCACAAUAAACCAUCUCAUGAAAACAUUUCCUUACACAUGAAUAUAGCAAGAACGAACAAAAUUACACAAUAGAACAAUCGCACAUCUUUUACUGUCCCAACAGUACAGUGGACUUCAUUCCGCUCUCCUAUGAGGCAUGCUCGAGAUGCCACAACUUGUCAAUCUAUAAGAACAUUACACUUCACAUGAAUCAAUCAAAAGGAAACAAAUAUAAAAAAUAUUAGAAAUAAAAAGAUUUAUUUUCAUCCUAAAGAUGAUGUUAAAAAUCCUGAGAUAUAAAUUCUCGAGUAUAAUUAGUCCAACCUAAACAGGUCAGAGAAACUGAAAAUUAAACUUCAAACUAUCUAAGAUUGUUCCAGGAAAUUCUGGACAAAGGAAAUGCAGACAAGCAAACUUAAUAUCUUUAUGGUAUUUUCGCUUUACUAGAGGAAUUUAAGCACCGACACAAGUAGGAGUCAAUGACACAACAAUUAGCAGACAUGUAAGAUAAUACAAAACAAGCUACUCCACGUUACUGUGAUAACCAAGUGCAAACCAGGGUGUAAGAAUAUUAGCCCAAAAAAUCCUUUGGGCAACAUACAUCACUAAAUUACGCUAUCAAUAAGUGCACCAGAGACUCUAAUUUAUUACCUUCAGAAGUUUUAGAUCGAAUCAAAUGAAAACAUGAAAAGGGACUACCAAAGAGCAUUAUUGAUUUAGAUAGAGCUUUGAUGCUGAGUUGAUUUCUCGUGUCAACUGGGGUAAUUCUUUAGCCAGAUUGGAGAAAGGAAACCUGACUAGCACUCAAAAUAUUAACCAGAAGACAAUAGUAAAACAUAAAAGAUGGAUCAGAUUUCCGGCUUUUAAUCCUGAUGGGAUUACAUUUGCGCAUUGUAUACUCAUAGUCGAUAAUUUGGGGACAGUAUCCUCGGGUCCAUAUAACCCAAGGAAAAAAGCAAUUGGUCAUCACAGUAAGUGCAGAAACGUGGUAUGGAUAUGAUAUCAUCACUUCUCACAACAAACAAAAAAUGGUGUAGGAGUUUCUAUUUAUUUAAGACAAGACAACUAUACAGCAUCCAUGACAGAAUGUGUUGCUUACUAGACAUUCAGAAUAAGUAGAGAUACAAAAACAUGACUUCAGAUGCCGAAUAUGCACAGUUUAAUAAUAUACAGUAUCAUGAGACACCUAACAAGUGUUGAUCAUCACUGAUGAAUCAACCACAGAAACCAGCUGCAGAAAGAACAAUAUAGUUGAUAUGUGUAAACGGGGUAUAGUAACAGGAAGCUCCUUCUAUGAGAGCAGCCAGUGUCACAAAAACAUGUUUCCUUCUUGAUGUCUGCCAAUCUAACGAGAAACAAGGCCAUGAAAGCAGACCAAGCAUCAGAUACCUCAUGGCAUCCCAAAUACCACUAUCCAAACAAAAUUUAGUUCAGUGCUAAGAUAUGUAUGGACAAGUUGAAUGCAAAAACCAUCUCAAAGAAUGGUUCGUGCUAGAAUCUUAACCCAAAGUAUCUCUAGGCAACGUACAGCGCUGAAUUACACUACCAAGAAGCGGACCUCAGUACUCAACCUUAAAGCUGAUAAAAAUUUAGCAGAGUAUACCAAAAGAUGAAGGGGAACACUCAGCGUUUCAAAAAAGAAGGCAGCAUCAAAUACUAUAGUAAUUAUUAUUGGACAUGAUAUAGUAAGGUACUUUCACUGGUUAUUGACUGUUUUCAGUUUUCACUAAGCAUAAGUGCAUAAUAUGGAAACAAUAUAAGAGAAACCAUACACCCUCGGAUAUUAAGCUAUUCCAAGUAUGUGAGGUAUACAACUUAUAGGAGCUUACAUGACAUUCGAACCGAUAGUCCCAACGCCCAGAGCAAUGUUCUUCGAGGAAUCUAGGUGUUCUUGUUUAUUCUCUGUAAUAUCUGAUCUCGAUAACCUUUUCUUCUUCCCUCUACUGAUUAAAAAUAGAAGUAAUUAAUCCCAGUCCAAUGUGUUGAGGGAAGAAAAACAUAGCGUGUCAAAAAAGAAGGCAGCAUCAAGUACUAUAGUAAUUACUAUUGGAGAUGAUAUAGUAAGAUACUCUCACUGGUUAUUGACUGUUUUCAGUUUUCACUAGGCAUAAGUGCAUAAUAUAGAAACAAUAUAAGAGAAAACAAAAGUAGUUAGUCCUAAUAAAAUUAUUUCACAUAUUUGUGGCAUGUUCACUCUCAGUUCUUAGGAAGGGAAAAUGCAACCUAGAAUCCUAAAUUCGUUGCAUAUUUUGCCUAUGAUGAAACUAAGAAAAACUAACUUGACAAUACAUGCUAUGGACUGUAGUCUACAGAAUAAAUGACAUACAAGAUUAAAUAAUAUGAUUCUAUUUUGCAGAAGCAGCUGUUUUUUCAUACAUCCCAUGGCAUUUCUGUCGUAAUCACUAGCAACUUCAAAUAGAGUUAAGCAAAAAAUAUCAACAUUCUUUAUUGAUUUCGAUUACAUGCAAAUAAGUAAAAAUGCCCUACUCUACCAAUAAGACAUAAGUAAAGAGCUGACAACACUAGACUGUACAACUACACAAACACAUGAGGUGCUUCUAAGACAAAAAAUAAACCUGAAUUUAGUGUGAGGACUAGCCAAUCCAGAAAGUAAAAAACGCAUUACUGAACAGUCACAGUUUCCAAAACACUAGCCAAUCCAGAAAGUAAAAAACACAUUAGCAAAACUGCAGGACAACAGAAAGGAAGAGUUAAUUUGUGUAGGUGACUGAACAAUACUAUUCAUCUGGACAACAGAAAACUGAUCACCAAAUCCUUUUCAGACAACUAAUUCAUCAAAAGGAACAUGACAUAUCAGGUACUAGUUCACAUAGGACACUGAAUUUGGUAAACUGAAAUAUACCCAACAAAAUACCGAGCACAAACAACAUGUUUUAAUAAUCAUAUUCAGUUAGGGGAAGCAAGUUGGCAGACAUUUCUACAUUAGAAUGUCCACGACUAACAAAACAUUCAUGGUAACACAAAAGGCACAAUCCGGCGAAGUGUUGUAAAUUCCCUUGUAUCCGAGUGGCACAAAUCUGCCUAUUUAUGAAGUAAAUCUAGGCCGGAAUUCCUAGAAUCUCGAACCCCCGAAGUCGCUGAAUAACCAAUUUAUUAGCAGAUCCAAUGGGCUAAACUUGUGAAGUACUAGUAACAUCUAUCUAAACGCUGUCCCAGGUAACAACAGAUCCGGAAAAUCUCUAGUUGGGACGUGUCCCGCUUACUUGAGGUAGUCAUCCUUGAAGAGGUCUUCCCUGUCAUCUUCCUCCUCGUCGCGGAUAACGGUGGCGCUGUCGUCCUCGGGGAGCACAUUAAGGUCGACCUCUGCCUCGCCAUCGUUGUCCGAGUAGGAGGAUGGGUCGGUGGCGCCGUGGCUGGUGGUGGUGUUGGGCGGCAGCCAGUCGGUGUUGAAACCCAGCGAGCCGGGGGUCGACGGCGCGUUCUUCUCCGAGUCGUCCUGGGAAAAUCAAAUCAACCGACGGAAACGUCAGAUCCGGAGGCGGGAAGCAAUUCAACAAGUUAAACCAUCUAUUAAAAAAAUGAAAACCACGCGAAUUUAACAUGUAAAGAUCUAGCUCGAAGAACAAUAAUAUAUAGGUCAUAUGAAUGAUGGUUCAAAUGCAUUCAACACUUCAAAUUACUACUACUACAACUGUCCGCAAAAUUAUAGAAACUUGGCAUAUACCGCAAGCAUUUCUCUUGCACUCAGUCAGGGGAUCGACUUCCAGGUUCCAGCUAGUAGGAGAUUUUCAGUAGAUAAUUUCGAGGCCACUAUCUAAGAAAUUUCAUUAAGUGAUUUCUCUUGUUACUAAACCUACUACACUAUAGCUAGCUCACUAAGAAUUCGUACAAGCAAUCUUGUUACUAAACCUACUACACUAUAUGUCUUGUCAUUCCUGUCCUAGUUUUCAGUGUCAGGAGACUUUUACUAACUUAUGAACAGCAACUGCCACUAUUGACUUCGCCAAAUCAAUAAUUACAAUCACAAGAUCGACCAGGAAACACAGAUUUCAUGCAAAAGACACGGAAUUCAGCAACUAAAAUCCUCCAUGAACAAAGAUAUAGCAGUUGAAACAGUCCAAAUCAUUCAUGCAGUUCCUCACAAGAAAUCAAAUCAUAUGGAGGAUGGAUGGAGAGGCCUCCAUGCAUGCAUGUACGCUUCUUCUUCUUGGUCGCAGCGGGCGGGGAGGAGGUUCCCGCAAUCACGAGCUGUAGAUCGCCCUCGUAUUCACCAAUCUCCGGCGGGCUUCCGGCUAGUUACGGUGGCUUCCCGUGGUAUGGCAGCCAGAACUCCUCUCCCACAACCUCUGUUGUGCUGCUCACGGAAGGGAAGGGGUUUGGUUGGUGGUGGUGUUGGGCGGCAGCCAGUCGGUGCUGAAACCCGGCGAGCCGGGGGUCGACGGCGCAUUGUUCUCCGAGUCGUCCUAGGAAAAGCAAAUCAACCGAUGGAAACGUCAGAUCCGAAGGCGAUUGCUGAGCGUGGCGGCGGCGGCGAGAGGAGGGAGAUGGGGGAGAUGGUCGCUUACCAUCCGCGGGCCCCGAGAAGGCUCUUGUGGAGGGGGCGUGUGGUGGCGAGAUGAGGCUAGGGUUUCAGCAGGAAGGGGGGAAUGGUGGGGAGAGACGGUGUUUCGGUGGGAAGGGGGGAAUGGCUAGGGUUUCCGACGGCGGCGCGGUUCGGUGGCUGGGGCGAGAGGGGAGACGGCGGUGCGGAGUGGGGCAGGGCAACGGGCGACGGAGAUGGGGGAGAAGGGGCGCCGUGGGAGAGAGAGCGAGGGGGCGAUGGGGACACGGGACGAGGGGGCUUUCCCCUCGUCGAUGGGGUGGCGGCGUGGGGUGGAGUGGGAGUGAGGUUGUGGGUCCAUUUAGGGUUAGAUGGAGGUUAGGUGGGCUGGCUUGGGUCGGGCGAUUUGGGCCAAGGGGGUUUUCUUUCCGCCUUUUUAUUAUUUGUUUCUGUUUUUAUUUCAUUUUUUAACAGCUUUAGUUUUAUUUUAUUUUAGUGCAAUGAAAUCUCUUAAAAUUAAUAAUUCUUAAAGGAAAAUUCUCCUAGGUAAUAUCGGACACAUCCGAACAUUUUUAUUUUGACAUUCAAAAACUUUUAUUGCUUUAUUUUAUUUUUAAAUUCAUUUUCAAACUGUUUGAACUAAUGCAAGAUCAACAAUAGAAAUCACGGUGACGUGGCAACAUUAGUGUGGAAUCACUGUAGCUUAAUUACAUAGGUUACUGUAGCAACAAUUGAGGAUAUCACGUCGACCUCCACCGAGCCCUCCAUCGACUGUGGACGGCUCAGAUUGGAUAUAGUGGGGUAAUCCAUGAGAAUAGUUAUCAUUGGUUGGAAACAUCUACAAUUUAAAAUACUAGUUUCUAAGUGGUAAAAAUAUUGAGGGAAACUGGCGGAACUAAAUGAGCUAAAAUUUGGUGGAGUGAGGUUAUAUGGUCAGUUUCAUCCCGUGGUAAAAUUUCAUCAACUAUAAAUCAAUAUAAAAUGUACUUGCUUCACAAAAUUAAAAUAUUAGCACAAACAAAGAUUGAAUGAUGAGCUCACAUGGAUUGCUAGAUGGGGCUAAAAUUUUGUUGAGAACUAUGUUUUCGGCACAUAGAAGAUGUGGAAAAAAUUCAACUCAUCAGGAUAUUCCUAUCUAGUACUUCCUUCACAAAGCUAUUAGCUGAACACAAAUUUUGGAAAAUUUGUGAGAAAGAUUUACUAGGCAAAUCGUUACGAAAGUUUUCAUGAGGCAAUGAUUUGGAUAGGAAAGAGUGCGCAAAAAAUAUAAGGGUAAUCAAAGAAAUAGAAAUAGCACUUCCUUCACAAAAUGCUAUUUUGAACAGAGUAGGAAAAUGAAUAUUGCAGAAUUAUUUUUAAACUAUGGAAGGAAGGAUUUUUCACAUAUUUAAGGAAUAUAUGAUCCAAAGUAUUUAUGAGAAUUUUUUGAGAAUUUUUGGAAUGAUAGAAUAGUAGGUUGCUUCACAAACUAGGAUGAGGUGGGAUAGAAUGGACCCACGAGUGACAUGAUAGAAUAGUAGGAUGAGGUGACAUAGUUAGAACAUGUUACGACAUUUUUAUAAUCGUCGUAAAAGUUAUGACGAUCUCAUCUUAUGCGGUUACGACGUUUUUGACUCACAUCGUCAUAAUUUAUAUGUAGAUUUGAUCCCCUCAAACGGUUUACGAUGAUCUCGGAUGAAAUCGUCAUAGAAUUAUGACGAAUUCAUCAACGACAUCUAAAAAAACGUCAUGUAUGAGUAUAUUUCUUGUGGUGAAUGACCCACCAGCGCGUGGGAUCGAGGCGGUUUUCGAGGGUAGAGUAUUCAACCCAAAUUUGGUGAUUCGCCAAUAGGAAGUGAGAGGAUACUCUCAAGUAUUAGCAGCUGAAUGUGUCAGAUUCAACCACACCUGAAAGAUUAAUAUCUACAAGCAAAGUAACAACAACAAAGUAGUAUGAUAGCAACGGUGUCAGAAACAAUCUGUUGACGGCAGACUAUUCCUAACUGUCGUAUCAAUGGCGCCAGAAGUUGCCCGUUGACGGAAAUUGACUUUUCCCGUCAACGUCGAGCGAAUCAGAAUUGUAGCAGGUAGCAGCAGUGUAAUGAGUAGAAGAAGUGGCAAGGAACAGAAGUAGUGACAGCAGUAGCAAGUAGCAACAGUAGCAAGUAACAAUAGUAGCAAGUAGCAAAAGUAGCAAGUAACAGCAGAGCAAGUAACAGCAGCAGAGCAAAACAAGUAACAGCAGCAGUGGGACAAACUCAUAGGCAAUGGGUCGGUGAUUUGUUUGGAUGAUAUUCAUCAUGCAAGAGUUAUAACAUGGAGAGAUAUGUGGCUAACUCCUGUUCGUCAAUGUGAUGUAGGCAUGCAUUCCGUGUGUCGUCAUACGUGCUUAGGGAAAAGAACUUGCAUGACAUGUAUUGUCCAUCCCUCCCGUGGCAGCGGGGUCCAAAAGGAAACUACGGGAUAUUAAGGUUCUCCUUUUAAUAAAGAACCGGACCAACGCAUUAGCACUUGGUGAACACAUGAACUCCUCAAACUAUGGUCAUCAUCGGGAGUGGUUCCGGUUAUUGUCACUCCGGGGUUGUCGGGUCAUAACACAUAGUAGGUAACUACAACUUGCAAGAUCGGAUCUAAAACACACAUAUAUUGGUGACAACAUAAUAAUUUCAGAUCUGAAAUCAUGGCACUCGGGCCCUAGUGACAAGCAUUAAGCAUGGCAAACUAGUAGCAACAUCAAUCUCAGAACAUAGUGGAUACUAGGGAUCAAUCCCCGUCAAAACUAACUCGAUUACAUGAUAGAUCUCAUCCUACUCAUCACCGCCCAGCGAGCCUACAAAUAGAUUACUCACGAACGAUGAAGAGCUUCAUGGAAUUGGAGAGGGAAGAAGGUUGAUGAUGACGAUGGCGACGAUUUCCCCUCUCUGGAUCCCAAAACGGACUCCAGAUCUGCCCUCCAGAUGAAGAACAGGAUGUGGCGGCGCCUCCGUAUCGCAAACGCGACGAAAUCUUCUCUCUUGAUUUUUUCUGGGACGAAAGUGAAUUUAUAGAGCUAAGUUUGGGGGCGGCAGAGCCACGUGGGCCCCACAAGCUUGCUAGCCGCCACCUGGGGGUGGCGGCUACGGGGCUUGUGGCCCACUGGCCCAUCCCCUCCGGUGGAUAUUUGCGUAGGUAUUCCUCAUAUUUUCCAGAAAUAUUCACCGUAAAUUUUCAGGACGUUCUGAGGACUUUCAUUUCUGCACAAAAACAACACCAAGGCAAUUCUGCUGAAAACAGGGUUAGUCCAGGUUAGUUCCAUUCAAAUCAUGCAAAUUAGAGUCUAAAACAAGGGCAAAAGAGUUUGGCAAAGUAGAUACGAUGGAGACGUAUCAACUCCCCCAAGCUUAAACCUUGCUUGUCCUCAAGCAACUCAGUUGGCAAACUGAGAGAGAAAGAAAAACUUUGACAAACUCUAUUUGAUCUUGUUGUUGCAACUAUGUCUAACUCAUAACCAGAAUUUCAGCAAGAUCACAAGUUAACCACAUAAGCAAGUGACUAAAAGGUAUCACGGUAAACUAAUAUCAAUGGCAUAAUCAGCUAACGAGCAAAUAAUAAUGAGUUUCAAAUACCAACACUUCAAUCAAAACAAGCAUGAAGCAAUAUGAAUAGGUGGUAUCUCGCUAGCUCUUUCUAAGACCGCAAAACAUAAAUGCACAACACUUUCACAGAUCAAGGGCUGACUAAACAUUGUAAUUCAUAGCAACGAAGAUCCAGUCAUAGUCAUAGUCAAUAUCAAUCAAAAGCAAAGCAUAAAAAUGACAAAGGUGCUCUCUAAUUGGUGCUUAUACAAGAGGAGGAUGACUCAACAGGAAAAUAAAUAGACAGGCCCUUCACAGAGGGAAGCAUUGAUUUGCAGAGGUGCCAGAGCUCAAGCUUUGAAAAUAGAGAUAGUAAUUUUGGGUGGCAUGCUUUCAUUGUCAACACAAUGACCAAGAGUUCCCAAUAUCUUCCAUGCUACUAAUGCUAUAGGCGGUUCCCAAACAGAAAAGUAUAGUUUUAACUCCCCCACCACCAAUCAAUUACACUCCACGGCUAGCCAAAUCCUCGGGUACCGUCCAUACUAACAUCAAUCCGGGGGGGGGAGUCUUGUUUUACAGUUAUGUUUUCGAUUUAAGCAUGGAACUGGGCAUUCCAAUUACCUGCCCCUUUCUCAUGAAUGACAAUGAAUAAACACAUGUCGAGGAUAACACUCCUAGCAUGGAAGAUACCAAUAGCCCCCUGUCACCACAUGAGCGGUUCGGGCAUGCAAAACAGAUUAUUUCUGGAAGGUUUAGAGAGUGGCACAUGCAAAUUUACUUGGAAUGGCAGGUAGAUACCGCAAAUAGGUAGGUAUGGUGGACUCUCAUGGAAAAACUUUUGGGUUUAUGGAUGUGGAUGCACAAGCAGUAUUCCACUUAGUACAAGUGAAGGCUAGCAAAAGACUGGGAAGCGACCAACUAGAGAGCGACAACAGUCAUCAACAUGCAAUGAGUUUGACUAACAUUGAAUGCAAGCAUGAACACGAUAUAAAUCACCAUGAACACGAACGUCAUAGAGGCUAUGUUGAUUUUGUUUCAACUACAUGCAUGAACAUGCGCCAAGUCAAGCCACUUGAAUCAUUCAAAGGAGAAUACCAUCCUAUCAUACUACAUCAUAGUCAUCUCAAAAUCUAUGUUGGCAUUCAAGACAAACCAUUAUAAGCUCCUAGCUAAUUAAGCAUGGCAUCAGAAACUAUGAUCUCUAAGUUGUCAUUGCAAACAUGGUUCUCUCACAACAAAGCUAAAUCAGGCAUGACAAGCUAGUCAUAUUUACAAAAACAAAAUAGAUAGAGUUCAUACCAGCUUUUCCAGUCUCAGUCACUUCAUCAUAUAUCAUCAUUAUUGUCUUUCACUUGCACGAUCGAACGAAGUGAACAAUAAUAAGAGUUCUCGUGCAUUGGACUAAGCUGAAUCUGCAGGCAAACACAAAGGAGAAGACAAAGUAAUAUGGCUCUUUGAAAGCUAAACAGGUAUGCAUGCAAGAACCACUAAACAUUGUAACCAAUAUCUUCUACCUUGACACAAAGAAAAAGAAAACUAUUUACACGAGAAAGCUCCCAGCAAGCAAAAGAAGAAAGAAAAAUACUUUUGGGUUUUCUCAAAAUGACACAAAACAAGAAAACGAAAAUAAACUAGCAUGGAUAAUACAGUGGCAAAGUGUGAACACCGGCUAACAAAGGGAAAGCAUAAGCAUGAACGUAAGGUCGGUGAGAACACGCACUCCCCCAAGCUUAGGCUUUUGGCCUAGCUUGGUCUACUCCCAUGGAUGGUCCUGGCGAAACCCAAAAUCAUAAUGGGUGUUAUACGGGAGUGCUGCAGCCACUGCCUGAAUAGGUGCAUCACGAAGUCGAGCAGCCGUCGCCUCCCUCUCAUACUCCUCUGCCUCUCCUAUUGUUAUGUAGUAUAUUUGUUUUACCUGAAAGUCAAAGAAAGCAGGAGCAGGAAGGGUAAUAUGGAGAACACGCUACCGGUUAAAUAUCAAGCAGUAUAGGAGGGAUCCAUGAUCCAUCUCAAGAAACUGGUAGCGUGUUAGAGCGACACGAUCAAGGUAGGCUGUACGGAGAGGAGGGUCUUCUAAACGGAUGGACACUCCAAGAAAAUUUGCUAAGCGUGUAGCAUAAAUUCCACCAAAGAAAUCCCCCUCAAUGGCAUUAUUAUUCAGCCUCCUUGCUAUUAUAGCUCCCAUAUUGAAGCUCCUCUCACCUUUUACUGCACUCUUAAGGAUACUAAGAUCGGAAGNUAAUAUGGAGAACACGCUACCGGUUAAAUAUCAAGCAGUAUAGGAGGGAUCCAUGAUCCAUCUCAAGAAACUGGUAGCGUGUUAGAGCGACACGAUCAAGGUAGGCUGUACGGAGAGGAGGGUCUUCUAAACGGAUGGACACUCCAAGAAAAUUUGCUAAGCGUGUAGCAUAAAUUCCACCAAAGAAAUCCCCCUCAAUGGCAUUAUUAUUCAGCCUCCUUGCUAUUAUAGCUCCCAUAUUGAAGCUCCUCUCACCUUUUACUGCACUCUUAAGGAUACUAAGAUCGGAAGCGCAUAGGUGACAAUGUGCACCCUUGCCGUUAAUGCACCUACCUAUGAAGAAGGCAAAGUAGUGCAAGGCAGGGAAAUGGAUGCUUCCUAUGGUGGCUUGCGUGAUAUCUCUGGUUUCUCCAACAGUUAUACUGGAGACAAAGUAUCUCACCGAAGACUUAGAAGGAUGAUUAAUACUACCCCCAUUGGGUAUCUUGCAAAUCCUAUUGAAAUCCUCCAAAUCCAUGGCGUAGGAUUUAUCAUACAGAUCAAACAGUAUGGAUGAGUCAUGGCCAACUGAAAAUUUAAAUCUACGCACAAAAGAGGCAGUGAGCAUAGCAUACUAUUCACAUUUAUCUGAGAGGAAUUCUUCUAACCCGGCAUUGCGGACAAGUGUAUCAAAAUCAUACUUGAAACCUGCUUCGAUCAUGAACUCAUCGGAAGGCCAUUCACAUGGUUGUACGGGUGUGUCCCUUAGUUGAUAUGGUUCGGGCUCCCGAAAAGAAAGACGGGGACCCUUCUUACUUGAGGAACCACCAUGAAAAUUCCUCCUGAACAUAAUUUCCUUUUGCUGAAAUUUUUGAAGUUCAAGAGAAAAGUGAAUGAAGACCAACCACACCUUGUAGCAACUACUCCUACUAGUGCCUAGAGACCGUAUCACGCGCUAAAACUACUUGGGACCAGUGAUACGUCUCAAACGUAUCUAUAAUUUUUGAUGGUUUCACGCUGUUAUCUUGUCUUCUUUGGUUGUUUUAUGUACCUUUUAUAUCUUUUUUGGGACUAACUUAUUAAUUCAGUGCCAAGUGCCAGUUCCUAUUUUUUCCGUGUUUUUCACUCUUUUCAGAUCUGAUUUUGGAACGGAGUCCAAACGGAAGAAAAACCCCAAAAUGAUUUUUUCCCGAAAGGAAGAAGAUCAGGGGGGCCUUUGGGCCAAGCCAGGUGGGCUCUAGGGAGCCCAGAAGCACCCACUCUGCCACCAGGGGAGGCGGCGGUGGGCAGGCUUGUGGCCUCCCUGGCCGCCCCCUGACCUAGAUCUUUGGCCUAUAAAUUCCCAAAUAUUCCGCAAAAAAUUAGGGCAGCCUCGAAAAUACUUUUCCGCUGCCGCAAGCUUCCGUUUCCGCGAGAUCUCAUCUGAAGGCCCUUCCUAGCACCCUGCCGGAGGGGACUUUGGAGUUGGAGGGCUUCUUCAUCAUCAUCAUCGCCCCUCCAAUGACUCGUGAGUAGUUCACUUCACACCUACGGGUCCGUAGUUAGUAGCUAGAUGGCUUCUUCUCUCUCUUGGAUCUUCAAUACGAAGUUCUCCAUGAUCUUCAUGGAGAUCUAUCCGAUGUAAUCUUCUUUGGCGGUGUGUUUGUCGAGAUCCGAUGUAUUGUGGAUUUGUGAUUAGAUUAUCUAUGAUAUAUAUUUGAGUCUUUGUUGAUUUCUUAUAUGCAUGAUUUGAUAUCCUUGUAUGUCUCUCCGAGUCUUGGGUUUGUUUGGACAACUAGAUCUAUGAUUCUUGCAAUGGGAGAAGUGCUUGGUUUUGGGUUCUGCCAUGUGGUGACCUUUCCUAGUGACAGUAGGGGCAGCAAUUGCUCGACUUUGCGCGGUUCUAUCAAUUGCUCGACAGUAAUUUGUUCACCCACCGUCUAGUUGCUUUCAUGAGAGAAGCCACUAGUAAACACUACGGCCCCCGGGUCUAUUCACAUCCAUCGUUUACAUCUCCGCUUUUACUUUGCUUUGUUACUUUGUUGCUUUCAUUUCUCACUUGCCAAACAAUCUAUAAGGGAUUGACAACCCCUUCAUACCAUUGGGAGCAAGUUUUUGUGUUUGUGCAGGAUCUUGAGAUACUCCUCCACUGGAUUGAUACCUUGGUUCUCAAACUGAGGGAAAUACUUACCACCGCUACGCUACAUCACACAUUCCGCUUCGAGGGAACACCAACGCAAGGCUCCAAGUCCACGGGGGAAAUCCUUUGCAUACUUGACCAGGAAGUCCCUUAAGGCGUAGCUGCGGCAGAAAGAUCAAGCCAAGUAUUCUCCCGUCGACGUGCCUAUUUCUGGCGCCGUUGGAAGGUCUUUUGUUGCAGUAGCAGAAGUAUUUCUGGCGCCGUUGCGGGGGAGAAGAAAUCAAGAUCUAUCCAAGUAGGUCUCACAAACUCUUCUCUUGCAUUUACUUUUGUUGCCAGGUGCCUCUCGCUUUCCUCUCCCCCACUUCAAAUUUGUCGUUUUCAUUCGCCUUUCGUCUUCGCCGUUUUCUUUUGCCUUUGUCGGUUCUCUUGCUCGCUUGUGUGCCAUGUGCCUUCAAUAUGCUUGCAUCUUUGUUUGUUAAUAUCUUUAAGAGACCCACUUAUGUGGAACAAAUUGCUAGUGAGUAAAGGGAAAUUGACUAUUUCUAUGGAGUUUUUCUUAAGAUGCGUGAAUCUGAAAAUUGUGAGGAAGAAAUUCAUGAAGUGAUUCACGAGGGCUCCUUGGAUGAAAAGCAUGACUGCAAUGGUUUCAAUAUAAAUUCUAUUAGUGACAAUCAUGCUAAGAACAUGCAAAACCCUAAGCUUGGGGAUGCUAGUUUUGCUAUGACCACUACUUAUUGCAAUAAUCAUGAUUGGGGUGAUGAUCUUUCUUAUUAUCUUGAAAAUUUAUUCAAACCUCAUGAUGAAUGUGAUAUUUGCAGCAAUACUAAAAAUGGGAUUGGAGAAGUCAUGACUUUAUUUCAUGAUAUUCCCACUAUUUUUGAAGAGCGUCAACUUUGCAUGCAUGUGGAUCAUGAAAAGAAUAUCCUAUGGGGUAGCUAUAUUGUUGAAUUUGAAUAUGAUCCCACAUGUAAUUGCCAUGAGAGAGGAAAAUAUUUUGGUAGAAACUUUCAUUUUACCAAAUUACCUCUCGUUAUGUUGAGAUUGCUAUUGUCUCUUUCUUCUUCCUUGCAUAUGGCAACUAUUGGUUGUUAUCGUGGGUAUAAGUCUGACAGUAGAAGUACGGGGUACGAAAGUAUAUGGGCAGAGCCUUAGCUAUGGCUAGGAUGUAUGAGUUCAGGCCCCUCUACGGUGGAGGAAAAAGCCCUACGUCUCAGUGCUCUUGGGAGCUUUGUGUCGAGUGUAUUAAGGGAUUACUGCAAGUGCCAACCCCUGUACCAGUGGUGAAGGGCGGCUUAUAUAGAGUGCCCUCCCCUUCAUAAUGGUCCGGUGGACAUGGGUGGAGUAGGAGCGAGUAAAGGCUGGCGUUACUGGUAACGUAAGCCUUAAAUGCUAGUUAUGGUGUAUGAAAACGUAUGACCAUUGCCCUCCUGGGAGGUUACGACGUACAGAGUGGAUUCCAGUCGGUACGUUAGAUAUGCUCCGAGUGGAUCGUCGCCGACUGGAUGAUGGGGGCGUCCUUAGUUCAGUAGGAACUGUCUAAGGGCCCUGUCCUCUAUGAAGGGUAGUCCUUGGGUAGGACCUAUAGGGCAGACCUAUGACCCCAUCAUUAGUCCCCGAAUGGGUCGGGGUUGGAACGAUGAAGUGAUGUCCGGAGUUUGGAGCCGACUGGUAUUUAGGUGAUCUUAGCGUUGUCUGCCUCGAUCCAUUUUCUCUUUGUGGCUAGUGAUCCGAGUGAAUAUGCAAGCGAAAUGAACCGUGAGGGACCGAUUGCUUCCCCGGAAUCUUUCGACGUGACCGGUCAUACUGACAGCGCCGGAUUUUCCGAGAUUCUCAAAUUUCGGUUGUCGCACGCCCAGCGGGGAUGACGACAUCGCCAUUGAGUAGAUUUCGCCUCCUCGAUUACCGCGCCGUGAUCUUCUCCACUAAUCUUGCAGUAGCUGUUUGGGAGGAUAAGAUCUUGGGCCCACAUGUAGGUGACUCAGUCGGAGGCCUAUUAAAGCCUUCCCGGCGGACCUUCUUGUUGCGCUGCUCAUCUUCCUCCCAUCGAUCUCGCCUCCCCGCAACUCCCUGCACACCUUUAGCCACCUCCUCCCCCUCCUCCUGUGCGGAUCCGUCGCCCUCGCCAUGACGAAGGGGCAGACCAGCAAGCUUGAGGCGAAGAAGAGGAAGAAGGGGGCGGCCUCCACUCAGCGGCGGCAGCGGGCGUUGCCGGCGGGCUGGAUCCAGGGGGACUUCCUCCCCUCCACGGUGAGGGAGACCGACGUGCUGGAGCUGGUGGAGCACGGCAUGGUCGUCAAUAAGUCUUGGAGGCUGCCGGAAGGCGAAAUGGAGCCGGCACCGAAGGAGGGGGAGCGCGUUCUGCUGCUCAGCCACGUGGUCAGAGGUUUCUCCCUGCCUCCCCAUCCUUUGUUCCGAGGAAUUAUGAAUUACUUUGGGGCGCAGCUCCAUCACUUUCCGCCGAAUGCGAUAGCUCAUCUUUCCGCAUUCAUCACCCUGUGCGAGUGCUUCAUAGGGUGUCCUCCCCACUGCGGGCUCUUAAAAUAUGUUUUCUCCGCUAGAUCUCAAAUGGUUAAGAAGCUUAGCCAGUCCGAUGAUAAGACACACAUCCUCCAGCUCUGCGGGGGUUUAGGAUUUUAGAAGAAAACGAAAAGUAGUUAUCCCUCCCUUUAGCUAUCUGAGUCGGUUAGGAACUGGCAAUCGUCCUGGUUCUAUUGCCAGGACAUUGCCUGCCCGAAUGCUUCGAGUGGAUUACCACCCUUCAGUUUAGACCGUCCGGGCCCUCCCAGAAAGCUAGCGCUCUCUAAGUGAGAAAAACCCAGAUCCAGCCUUUGAUCGACACGCUGAUAGCCGUCGUCCGGAAGGGAGUCACCGACAUGGACCUGUUGGAGACUUUUCUGGGUCGAUGCAUCCAGCCGCUCCAGGCCCGAGACCACGCAAUGUGGCAUUACACGGGGCCUUCGGAUACCACUCGGUCCCAUCCUUAAGAUGUGAGCGAGGAGACCAUGGGUGCGUGGGUCCACAGCAUCACGGGCACAUGUGAUAACCCCGUGGGAGCUCGGCGGGUGAAGGGCUUCCACGCCCAAAAUCCUCCUCCGAAUGAGGUGAGUACAUGUUGUCGAGUGCUUUUAACCUUCUCAGUUUUAUUGCUUUUCUUGUCUCGCUGACUGAUGUUGCCGACUAUGUUUUGUGCAGGAGUGGACGAACUAGCAUUCUGCAGUCUCAAAUGGGAAUCCGGUCAAGGAAGAAGAAGGAAGCAUGGAGGGUAGCGCGGGUAGUGCCGAGUAUGUCUCUGACAGUAGGGAGACGGAGGAGGAAACAAAAGAGGAGGAGGAGGAGAGUGAAGAGCAGAGCUCGUCACCCUCACCACCAGAACACCGAACGAAGCACUGUCAUGACCCCGUUGUUCCGCCGGCUCCUCCCGUGGCCCCGAGUGCUCGGAGUGUGAACAGAACACGGGGUUCUUCUGUCGAGCCCGUGGAUCAGCCGUCCAAGGUGGCUAAACCCAGCGGGUCUAAACAUCGGAAAGCUUUGCCCCGGAUGAGGAUCGUUGUUCCGGUGGCCUCAGCGUAAGUAUCUUUGCUCUUCCAUCUUCCUUCAGUAUCCGAUUGAACUCUUCUUUUUGGGAAUUCAUGUUUACCCGUCGAAUGGAUUUCACUCAACAGAGCUGCUACCUCCUCCACCUCUCUGCUGCGUCAGGGUGACGAUCCCAUGGACACUGAUAACGCCGCCACGUCCCAGCAAGGUACGUUGUCACGAAUCCAAGAGCUGUAUUACCGUUUCGCGAGUGCUGUCUUUGAUCUUGAUCUUUUUCUGUAUUUUUAUUUUGUUCAGUCGGGCUUCCUUCGGAGGUGAUUCAUCUGGACGACGACGACCAAAGGAGGUCGGAACCAGCUUUGGCACCUGUCCUUGGGGUUAUCCAACCUACUGCCAACCCCGCCAUGAGCGUGCCGCCGACUGAGACGGUGUUCUUCACGGCGGAACCGACUGGAGCAGAGCUCGGGAUACCUAGGGCGCCUUCUGCCACGCCGGGUCCGUCGACUGUUCAAUAUGAUGCCCGGCGCCUCCCGGAAGAUCAAGUAGGAGCCGCCAAGGAUGCCAUGGUACAAGUGGAGCUGAUGGUGGGCGAAGCCAAGGGAGCAUAUGACUCCGUUGCGUCCCUGUACAAGAAGAGCUUGGAGCUUCGGGAUGAUAUCCGAGUAAGUGCGCUAGUAAGUGUUUUGGCAAGAUACUCGGAUACAGUAGGUUAAUUUUCCAGUGGGUUCACUCCGAGUGAACCCAGUGGGUGUAGUCCCCGAGACUUCUGCCGAGUGCUUGCACCGCAGUUGUCUUUAUAUGUAUUUUCCAUAAUCUCUACAGAUCAGAGCUGAUCUGCCCGAAUGGUACCAGUGGGGGCACGCCGAGUGCAACCACUGGGUGUAGUCCCCGAGAGUAGUGUUACUCGGGUCGAGUAAUAGUAAUCUCGUAGUGUUGUUGGUUUGCUAUGGAGCUCAAUGGGACCGACCGGUUCGAGCUUCAUACCAGUGGGUUCACUCUCAGUGAACCCACUGGGUGUAGUCCCCGAGACCACUGUCGAUUGCUUGCAUCGGCAGGGGUCUGAAGAAUCUUGAGCUUUGAUUGUUUUGUCAUAUCUGUCGAGACUUUUCCUUCUUGAAUCUGGCUGAUCCUCCCUUUGUGUCUCUUUGACAGAAGACUUGUGAAAUGGGAUCGGCUUAUAAUGCUCUGAAGGCUGAGAAGACUCAACUUGCUGCCGACUUGGAGGUAGCUGCGAAUGAUCUGGCUGGCAUGAAGAAGGCACUCGCUGAACGAGAAAUAUCUUUGGAGGAAUCUCGGGGGACUAACAAGGCACUACUAGCUGAGUUAGAAAAAAUGAAGAAGGAGAGAUCUGAAUGGGUGGGCCAGCUGAAGUCAAUGAACGCUCGGUGCAAAGCGCAGGAGAACUACGUCGGCGACUGGGCGAAGAAGAUGGUCGCACUGCUUGGUGGUAAGUAGCUUGCCGAGUGCUCUUUGACUUUGGAGUUCACUCCGCGCUUCUUUUCUCCCUGUCUUUUCUUUGCAGAUUUCUGUCACGACGUUGAAGCUGAAACCGCCGAAAUUGAACGGUCGCUUGGGCAACCGAAUGUUCCACUCGGUGAUGAAGCUAACCGGGACAUGUUCCGUCUGAAUUCCCGCCUUAACAAGGUGGGUCCUUUCAUUGGUCGCCUGAGAGAAGUUGUGGGCCGAAUUCACAAAGAGCUGUGGCCUGAAGAUGACUCCCGGAAUGAGAUAGAGGGGUUGACGACUCGACUGGAGGAUGCUCCAAGCAGUGUGCAGGCAUGGAAGAAGUUUGCCGCUCGGUGUGGCGCGGACGUGGCGUUGUCUCUAGUCUGAGUGCAUUGUAAGGAAGCCCGUGAAGACAAGCUGAAGAGGUUGCAGGUCGCCAACACCAAGAAGCUUCGAUUUGAAGACUUCAUGGAGACCUUUCUCGACACGGCCACUCGUAUUGCAGAUGGAAUCGACCUCGACACCUUCGUGGAGCCUGCCAGCUCCGGCGAUGCUUGAUUGACUUUAUGCUGAGCAUGCAUUUACCUCGGUAUGCCGAGUGGAGUUUGUAUUAAACUUUGGCCACUGCUGUUGGCCGGUACAUUCGUGGCUCAGUGUGGAUAAACUUGAUUCACACCGAGCCGACUGAUCGUUGAACUCAAUUUGAAUUCGAACCGGAUCUUUUGCUCUUCUUUCGUUGAGUUUUUUUUACACGAGUUUUGCUCGUGGUUUUUGUUUAGGCGACUCAGCUAAACCUCCGAGUGUAACUUGUGUGCCCACUCAGAGGAAGCUCUUUACUUAGGCAACUCUGGUUCGCAACUAAGUCCUCGAGUGUGACUUUUGGUGCACACUCGGAGUUAGUUUUUACUUAGGCAACUCUGGAUCGCAGCUAAGUCCCCGAGUGUGACUUUUGGUGCACACUCGGAGCAAGUUGUUUACUUAGGCGACUCUGAGUCGCAGCUAAGUCCCCGAGUGUGACUUUUGGUGCACACUCAGAGCGAGUUGUUUACUUAGGCGACUCUAGGUCGCAGCUAAGUCUCCGAGUGUGACUUUUAGUGCACACUCGGAGCGAGUUGUUUACUUAGGCGACUCUGGGUCGUAGCUAAGUCCCCGAGUGUCACUUUUGGUGCACACUCGGAGCGAGUUGUUUACUUAGGCAACUCUGGGUCGCAGCUAAGUCUCCGAGUGUGACUUUUUGUGCACACUCGGAGUGAGUUGUUUACUUAGGCGACUCUGGGUCGCAGCUAAGUCCCCGAGUGUGACUUUUGGUGCACACUCGGAGGGAGUUGUUUACUUGGGCGACUCUAGGUCGCAGCUAAGUCCCCGAGUGUGACUUUUGGUGCACACUCGGAGCAAGUUGUUUACUUAGGUGACUUUGGGUCGCAGCUAAGUCUCCGAAUGUGACUUUUAGUGCACACUCGGAGCGAGUUGUUUACUUAGGCGACUCUGGGUCGCAGCUAAGUCCCCGAGUGUGACUUUUGGUGCACACUCAGAGCGAGUUGUUUACUUAGGCGACUCUGGGUCGCAGCUAAGUCCCCGAAUGUGACUUUUAGUGCACACUCGGAGCGAGUUGUUUACUUAGGCGACUCUGGGUCGCAGCUAAGUCCCCGAGUGUGACUUUUGGUGCACACUCAGAGCGAGUUUUUAACUUAGGCGACUCUGGGUCGCAGCUAAGUCCCCGAGUGUGACUUUUGGUGCACACUCGGAGCAAGUUGUUUACUUAGGUGACUCUGGGUCGCAGCUAAGUCCCUGACUGUGAAUUUUGGUGCACACUCGGAGCAAGUUGUUUACUUAGGCAACUCUGGGUCGCAGCUAAGUCCCCGAGUGUGACUUUUGGUGCACACUCGGAGUUAGUUUUUUAGACCGGAGUCUGCAAACGCAGAAGAAUUUUGAAUCGGCAAGAAAUUCAUCCGCUUUGUAUUACUUCGAUGACAUUUGUUCUUUACAUUGUCUCUGUCGGCGGUUAUGUGUAGAAGUGCUUCAGUAGAUCUCCAUUCCAUGCCCGCGGCUCGUCCGUCUCCCUGUCGAGGUUGUAGAGUCGAUACGCUCCAUUGUUCCGUACCUUAGAAAUGAUGAACGGUCCUUCAUAGGCGGGAGCCAACUUGUGUGGUCUCUGUUGAUCCACUCGGAGCACCAGGUCUCCUGCUUGGAACGUGCGGCUCCUGACGUGCCGCUCAUGAAAUCGCCGCAGAUCUUGUUGAUAAAUUGUUGAACGGAUCAAUGCCAUCUCGCGCUCCUCUUCCAAAAGGUCUACUCCGUCUUGCCUGGCUUGCUCUUCUUCGGCUUCGGAGAAGAGUUCGACUCGUGGAGAGUUGUGAAGCAAGUCACUUGGAAGGACUGCCUCUGCUCCAUAAACGAGGAAAAAUGGGGAUCGUCCUGUCGAUCUAUUCGGGGUUGUUCGGAGGCCCCACAGCACCGAAGGCAGCUCGGUGACCCAUGCGCCGGCGGCAUGCCCAACUUCCCGCAGGAGUCGAGGCUUCAACCCUUAAAGAAUGAGUCCAUUCGCCCGCUCCGCUUGUCCAUUUGUUUGGGGGUGCGCAAAGGAUGCAAAAUACACUCGGAUACCUUGGCCUACGCAAAAACCUUUGAACUCGUCCGAGUUAAAGUUUGGGCCAUUGUCGGUGAUUAUGCUGUGUGGAACCCCGUAUCUGGCAAUGAUGUCUCUGAUAAAUUUGAUGGCCGUAAGGGCAUCAAGCUUCUUGAUUGGCUUGGCUUCAAUCCACUUGGUAAACUUGUCGACUGCUACCAGCAGAUGGGUGAAUCCUCCUUGGCUUGUUCUGAAUGGUCCGACUGUAUCUAAUCCCCACACGGCCAAUGGCCAAGAAAGGGGAAUUGUCUUCAGCGCGGACGUUGGCUUGUGGGACUUGUUUGAAUAGAACUCACAACCUUCGCAAUGGUCGACUAUAUCUUUUGCCAUUUCAUUCGCCUGCAACCAGAAGAAACCAGCUCUGAAUGCUUUGGCAACGAUCGCCCUUGAGGAGGCAUGAUGACCACAGGUUCCUGAGUGAAUUUCUUCCAAAAUUAACCGACCCUCCUCAGGAGAGAUACACCCCUGAAGGACGCCUGAAACACUUUCUCUGUAUAACUGGUCAUCAAUGACGGUGAAGGACUUCGACCUGCGAAUGAUCUGCCUAGCUUGGACCUCAUCUUCCGGUAACUCUUGCCUCAGGAUGUACGCAAUGAGUGGCACAGUCCAUUCGGGAAUGACAGCUAGAAUCUCCAUGACCAGGUCAACCACAGCGGGAAACUCGACUUCGAUCUGAUCUAUUGAGCUCUUCGGUUGCACAAGUUCCUCUAUAAAAGGAUCUUCUUUUACCGAGGGGAGGUGUAAGUGCUCGAGGCAGACAUCACUCGGGACAGGUCUCCGUGUGGAUCCAAGUUUUGCCAAUUCAUCUGCUGCUUGGUUUUUCAGUCGGGGAACAUGGUGAAGUUCCAUACCUUCGAACUUCUUUUCGAGCUUUCUUAUUGUGUUGCAGUAUGCAGUCAUGGUGGGGUUCCUUACAUCCCACUCCUUCAUUACUUGAUUAACCACUAGAUCUGAGUCGCCAUAGACCAUCAGGCGACGGACGCCGAGUGUGAUGGCCAUGCACAACCCGUAAAGGAGAGCUUCGUACUCUGCUUCGUUGUUGGAAAAAUCAAAAUGGAUCUGCAACACAUACUUGAGUUUAUCACCUUUCAGGGAUAUGAGCAGUACGCCGGCGCUGGAGCCAUUCAACAUCUUGGACCCAUCGAAGAACAUGGUCCAAUGAGCCGAGUAGAUGUGAGUCGGUUGCUGUUGCUCUACCCAUUCUGCCAUGAAGUCGGCAAGAGCUUAAGACUUUAUAGCUUUCUUGGCUUCGAACUUGAUGUCGCAGUAUAGCAUAUCCAUUGCUCACUUUGCCACUCGGCCUGAUGCGUCCCGAUUGUGGAGAAUUUCCGACAACGGAGCAUCAGAUAUGACAGAUACCGAGUGGUCUUGGAAAUAAUGAGCCACGUGCUUUGCAGUCAUGUAGAUCCCAUAAAUAAGCUUCUGAUAAUGGGGACACCUCUGCUUGGAAGGAGUCAGGACUUCAGAAACAUAAUAUACUGGCCGCUGAACCUUGUACGCUUUGCCUUCUUCUUCGCGUUCGACUGUCAGAAUAGUGUUGACGACUUCGUUUGUAGCCGCGAUGUACAAAAGAAGGGGUUCUUUACUGAGUGGGGCAGUAAGAACCGGCUGGGUGGAAAGCAGGGCUUUGAGGUCGUCGAAUGUGGUUUGGGCUUCGUUUGUCCACUCGAAGGUAUCCGACUUCUUCAUGAGUCGGUACAGAGGUAACGCCUUCUCGCCGAGUCGAGCGAUAAACCUGCUCAAAGCCGCUAGAAAACCUAUGAGCUUUUGUACGUCAUGUACUCUUACCGACCGCUCCAUUCGAACAAUGGUCCCGAUGUUUUCGGGGUUGACAUCGAUCCCUCGUUCGGAAACAAAGAAACCGAGUAACUUCCCGCUGGGAACGCCAAAUGAACACUUGGCUGGGUUUAGCUUGAUAUUGUACCUACGUAGGUUGGCGAAUGUUUCUGCCAAGUCAGUCAGUAGGUCGGAACCUUUGCGUGACUUGACUACGAUAUCGUCCAUAUAUGCCUCCACAUUUCGACCAAUCUGGUCUAGGAGGCAUUUUUGGAUCAUUCGCAUAAAAGUUGCUCUUGCAUUUUUCAAACCGAAUGGCAUAUUGAUGUAACAGAAGCACCCGAAUGGGGUGAUGAAAGAUGUUUUUAAUUCAUCCGGACCAUAUAGACGGAUCUGAUGGUAGCCCGAAUAGGCUUCAAGGAAGGAUAAGCGCUCGCAACCCGCAGUCGAAUCAACGAUUUGAUCUAUGCGGGGGAGCGGGAAGUGGUCUUUCGGACAGACCUUAUUAAGGUCCUUGAAAUCGAUGCACAUACGAAGAGACUUGUCCUUCUUGGGCACCAUGACAACAUUAGCGAGCCACUCGGAGUGGUGUACCUUGCGAAUGAAGUUGGCUGCCAGAAGUUUAGCUACCUCCUCUCCGAUUGCUUUUCUCUUGUGCGCGGCAGACCGACACAGUCGUUCUCGGACGGGCCGAGCGGCAGGAUCCACAUGCAGUCGGUGCUCAGCCAACUCCCUGGGUACACCUGGCAUGUCAGCAGGCUUCCAUGCAAAAAUGUCCCAGUUCUCAUGAAGGAAUUGGAUGAGCUCGGUUUCCUAUUUUGGAUCAAGGGUGGUGGAGAUGUUUGUUGGGGCGGUGGUGGCAUCCGUCGGGUGGACUCUUACUUUUUUCGUGUCUCCCGCCGACUGGAAUGCGGACUCGGAAGCUGGCUUCUUUGAACGCAUCAGGUCGGCAGGGUCGGCAAUCUUCUUGUACUCAUCCAACUCGAGUACAGCCAUCUGAUGGUCUGCAAUUCUCAACCCCUGCUGCAGACACUCCUCGGCUCGUUGCCGAUUGCGUGUGACAGUAAUCACGCCUUUGGGACCAGGCAUCUUCAGCUUCAAAUAUACGUAACAUGGACGGGCCAUGAAACGUACAUAUGCCGGACGGCCCAGAAUGGCAUGGUAUGCACUCUGGAAGUCUACCACCUCGAAUGUUAACUUCUAUUUGCGGAAGUUCUUGUCAGAGCCGAAGACGACGUCCAACGCAAUCUGGCUGAGAGAUUUUGCCUUUCUUCCUAGGACGACUCCAUGGAAUUGCAUACUGCUUUCGCUAAGUCUGGACAUCACAAUGCCCAUUCCCUUGAGAGUAUCGGUGUACAUGAUAUUCAAGCCGCUGCCGCCGUCCAUGAGGACUUUGCGCAGCCUAACUCCUUCCACCACCGGGUCGACGACCAGAGCUUGCCUCCAUGGGGUGGGUACGUGUGCUGGGUGGUCUGCCUGAUCAAAAGUGAUUGCAGUCUGUGACCACUUGAGGAACGUGGGAGUGGAUGGGGUUGCCAUGUUUACCUCCCUGCUGACCAGCUUCAGUCGACUUUUGCUUUCUACAUCAGCAAAAAUCAUUAAUUUUGCAUGGACUUGAGGGAACGGAUCCUCCUUGUCCUCAUCAUCUUUCUCGGUGUCUUUCUCACUCGGCUGUCCUUCACCGAAUCCUUGGAUCAGGAGGCGACACUACCGAGUGGUAUGUUUCGGCAAUAUGACAUUGCCUUCUUCAUCCAUCUUCGUGUGGAUUGGACACGGCUGAUCUAGGAUGGAAUUUCCUGACUGUUUCUUCUUGGGGGUGUACUGUGGUUUCCCCUUGCCUUUGAACUUAGCGUUUGUAACGACUGCCGCCUCUGCUUGCGGAGUGGAUUGGGCUUUCUAUUUCUGCUUCCGACUGCUGCUCCCAUCUCCGUCGGCGACUGACUUAUGCUUGCCGCUACGUAUGCGGUCCUCCUCUUCGCCAUUUGCAUAGCACGCAGCUAUCUCCAUCAUCUUGCUCAUGGAGAUGUCGCCUGUCCGACCAAACUUCAGGUAUAGAUCUUUGUACCGAACGCCUGCCUUGAAGGCGCAGACUGCUUGGUGUUCUGUAACAUUCUCCACCGUGUGGUAGAGGGUUGUCCAGCGUUGGGUAAAAUCGCGCAGGGGCUCGUUUUGCUUCUGGACACAGUGCUGAAGCUUUGUGAGACCAGCGGGGCAUUUGCACGUACCCUUGAAGGUCCUGAUGAAGACUCGGGACAGAUCUGCCCAACUCGAAAUGGUUGAUGGAGCUAACUGGUUUAGCCAAGCUCGAGCCGAACCGUCGAGCAUCAAUGGGAGAUGUUUCAGGGCGACAUGGUCAUCUCCGCCACCGAUGUGGACCACCACUCUGUAGUCGUCUAACCAAGUUUCUGGUUUGGACUCUCCUGUGAAUUUGCUGAAUCCCGUCGCCAAUCGGAAGUUGGGAGGGAUGUCAGCCGAGCGAAUGGCCCGACUGAAACACUCGGGACCAGAAACAACGGUCCUGCUUCCACUCGGAUGAUCUCUAUCGUGACCACCACGGUGGGCUCGGCUUCUAUCAACCUUCUUUUGAGUGAUAUACCCUCUUGCAUCAGGCCUUUGAUCAUGCGCGUCACCGCCCGAACGACAAUCAUCGUAAUGCGGGGGUCCGUAAGGCCCACUCCGCCGAGGAGUACGCGAACGGCGAUGAUCUUCGGGAUGAGACCGAAUGGAAGGUGGAUUCCGACUCUGGUCCCUGGAAUGAUCGUUCCAGAGGCUGCCCCCUCUGCGACGCUGGUGAGAGCUGGGACUGAAAACCGACCGAUGUGUGUUCGCUUGAACGGAACUGUUGUGGAUCUUGUUGUGCGACUGGGAGACCGCCGAGUUUUGCUGCUGCACCGUAUGUAACAAGGCACGGAUCUGCUCAAUUCCUCUACCAGCCUCUGAAUCAGUCGGCUGGAGAGAAUCAGUGAUCUUGGCGGCUGCAGCCAAGUUGAGGAUGGGUGUGCGGAACACCUCGACGUGGCUCUGGCGAACGCGUCGACUGGAAGAACGAGGGUGCUGACGACGAGCGCCGGAUGAUUCUCCGAUCUCACGCUCGUUCCGACCAGUCCCGGGCGACUUUUGUGGGAAUCGGCCAUGAGCACUUCGGCCGUAGGCCCGUGACCCUGAUACUCGGAAGGUAGUUCAGUCGGAAAUGAGUCCAAGCACUGGGAUGACCGCGGGACCACAACCGAUUCAAGCACCACCACUUGAGAGGACAUGUUUUGUCGCGCUAGGGCGUGUCGCACCCAACGCUGGAGCCCCGAACGACCGGAUAGCUUGUUGCGGUGCGUGACGGGGGCGAAGAUCGAAACCGGGGUCGAUGGCUGGACAAGAAGAACACCGCAGGAACUGGCACGGAAGUGCGUAGCCCCGCGACUCGGAAGCGUCUUGACAUCGAGGGGCGCAUCCUGAUGCCAUGCCGAAUCAUCAGCGAUGAAGGAGAGCGCACCGAAGAGGAUCUCACGACCCAUGCACAGAUCUCCGCCGGAUGACAUGACGAAGAGAUGAAAUCACAAACUCGCCGGAAGUCGCUUAUACGCCAGCCCCACGGUGGGCACCAACUGUCGUGGGUAUAAGUCUGGCAGUAGAAGUACGGGGUAUGAAAGUAUAUGGGCAGAGCCUUAGCUACGGCGAGGAUAUAUGAGUUCAGGCCCCUCUACGGUGGAGGUAAAAGCCCUACGUCUCAGUGCUCUUGGGAGCUUUGUGUCGAGUGUAUUAAGGGAUUACAGCAAGUGCCAACCCUUUUAGCAGUGGUGAAGGGCGGCUUAUAUAGAGUGCGCUGCCCUUCAUAAUGGUCCGGUGGACAGGGGUGGAGUAGUGGAGAGUAAAGGCUAGCGUUACUGGUAACGUAAGCCUUAAAUGCUAGUUAUGGUGUAUGAAAACGUAUGACCGUUGCCCUCCUGGGAGGUUAUGCCGAACAGAGUGGAUUCCAGUCGAUACGUUAGAUAUGCUCCGAGUGGAUCGUCGCCGACUGGAUGAUGGGGGCGUCCUUAGUUUAGUCGGAACUGUCUAAGGUCCUUGUCCUCUAUGAAGGGUAGUCCUUGGGUAGGACCUAUAUGGCAGACCUAUGACCCUACCCUGGGACUAUAACCCCACCAGUUGUCUUGACAAUCUGUUUUCCUAUAAAAUGCCUAUGCAUAGGAAGUAUGUUAGACUUAGAUAUGAUUUUCACAUGCUUUAGGAUGCUCUCGUUGUGCUUCAAUUCUUGUCUUUUGUGAGAGCAUCAUUGAAUGCCUAGCUAAGGGCGUUAAACAAAAACGCUUGUUGGGAGGUAACCCAACGACUCUAUCCUUUUUCUUUCUGUUUUGUGUUUCCCACACUUUCAUAAUUCUGUUAUGAUUGUGUUUUUUUUGUUUCUUUUUGCGUUUGUGCCAAGCAAAACCGUUAUGAUUAGUCUUGGGGAUGAUCGUUUGGCCAUGCUGGAAAAGACAGAAACUUUCUGCUCACGAAAAGAAUUUUCAUUUUUUGUCUGUAAGAGAUUUUGAGUUGAUUCUUUUUGCUGCUGAUUGCUACAGAAGUUCUUCAGACUGUCUUAAGUUUUCAGAAUUUUUGAAGUAACAGAGUUAUACGGAAUAUACAGAUUGCUACAGACUGGUCUGCUGUUAACAGAUUCUGUUUUUGUUGUGUUGGUUGCUUAUUUUGAUGAAACUAUGGAUAGUAUCGGGGGGUAUUAGCCAUGGAAGAUUGAAAGUACAGUAACCCAACAUCAGCACAAGUAGAAUUUAAGUUUGCUACAGUACCUAAGGAAGUGGUGGUUUGCUUUUUCUUGUACUAAUGUUAUCACGAGUUGUUGUUUAUGUUUCGUGUUGUGAAGUUUUCAAGUUUUGGAUGAAGUUCUUAUGGACAAAGAGAUAAAGAGUGGCAAGAUCUCAAGCUUGGGGAUUCCCAAGGCACCCCAAGAGAUUCAAGGAUGCCGUAAAAGCCUAAGCUUGGGGAUGCCCCGGGAAGGCAUCCCCUCUCUCGUCUUCAAUCCAUCGGUAACGUUACUUGGGGCUAUAUUUUUAUUCACCACAUGUUAUGUGUUUUUGCUUGGAGCGUCUUGUAUCGUAGGAGUCUUUUUUUUGUUGUGUCACAAUCAUCCUUGCUGACACCUAGAGAGAGAGACAUGCACACACCGUGAUUUUGUCGAGCUUCACUUAUAUCUUUUGGUAGACAAUUCAGCUCACAUGCGCUUCACUUAUAUCUUUUGAGCUAGAUACUUUUGCUCUAUGUGCUUCACUUAUAUAUUUUAGAGCACAGAGGUGCGUGGCUUGGUAGCUGAUCUAUGCUUUGAAAGUAGUCUCAAAAGGGGUAGUUAUCCAAAGGGAUACGAAAACUUCCACCUUCAUGUGCAUUGAAUAGUUAGAGAAGUUUGAUUCAUCUCAAUUAGUUUUGAGUUCUGGUUAUGGUAAUAUUAAAGUCAUGCUAGUAAGGUGUUGUGGAUCUAGAAAUACUUGUGUUGAAGUUAGUGAUUCCCGUAUCAUGCACGUAUGUGAACCGCUAUGUGAUGAAAUCUAAGCAUGAUUAGUCUAUUGAUUGUCAUCCUUUGCGUGGCGGUCGGGAUCGCGCGAUGGUUUAUACCUACCAGCCCUUCCCCUAGGAGUAUGUGUUGAAUGCUUUGUUUCGAUUACUAAUAAAUUUUUUGCAACAAGUAUAUGAGUUCAACACGACUAAUGUUGAGUCCAUGGUUUAGAUGCACUUUCACCUUCCUUCAUCACUAUCUUCUUAGUGCCGUGCAACUUUCGCCGGUGCACAAAACCCACCAUUAGCCUCCCUCAAAACAGCCACCAUACCUACCUACUAUGGCUUUUUCAAAGUCAUUCCGAGAUAUCUUGCCAUGCAACUACCACCAUGACAUGUGCCACCACGUCUACAUUGCCAUUGCAUGAUCGUAAGAUAGCUAGCAUGAUGGUUCCAUUGAUGUCUAUGCCAUGCUAGAUCAUUGCCACGGUACACUACCGAAGGCAUUCCAUAUAGAGUCAUCGUUACUCUAAGUUUUGAGUUGAAAGUGUGAUGAUCAUCAUUAAUGGAGCAUUGUCCCAUGUGAGGAAAUAAAAGAGGCCAAGGAAGCCCACCAAAAAAAAGAGGCCAAAGAGCCCACCAAAAUAAAAAAAAAUGAGAGAAAAAGAGAGAAGGGACAAUGCUACCACUUUUUCCACACUUGUGCAUAUUGAGCACCAUGAUCUUCAUGAUUGAGAGUCUCUCGUUUUGUCACCACCAUAUAGCUAGUGGGAAUUUUUCAUUAUAUAACUUGGCUUGUAUAUUCCUAUGAUAGGCUUCCUCAAAAUUGCCUUAGGUCUUCGUGAGCAAGCAAGUUGGAUGCACACCCACUAGUUUUCUUUAAGAGCUUUCACAUACUCAUAGCUCUAGUGCAUCAAUUGUAUGGCAAUCCCUACUCAUUCACAUUGAUAUCUAUUGAUGAGCAUCUCCACAGCUCAUUGAUUUGCCUAGUUAAUGUCACUAUCUUCUCCUUUUUGUCUUGCAACCUCCACUACAUUCCACACCAUCUAUAGUGCUAUAACCAUGGCUCACGCUCAUGUAUUGCGUGAGAGUUGAAAAGGUUUGAGAAAGUAAAGGUGUGAAACAAUUACUUGGCCAAUACCGGGGUUGUGCAUGAUUUAACUUCAUUGUGCAAUGAUGAUAGAGCAUAGCCAGACUAUAUGCUUUUGUAGGGAUAACUUUCUUUUGGCCUUGUUAUUUUGAAAGUUCAUGAUUACUUUGCUAGUUUGCUUGAAUUAUUAUUGUUUCCACGUCAGUACCAAACUAUUGUUUUGAAUCUAAUGGAUCUGAACAUUCACAUCACAUGAGAGGAAUUACAAAGGACACCUAUGCUAGGUAGCAUGAAAGCAUCAAAAAUUCAUUCUUAUCACUUCCCUACUCGAGUACGAGCAGGAGUUAAGCUUGGGGAUGCUUGAUACGUCUCAAACGUAUCGAUAAUUUUUUAUGGUUUCACGUUGUUCUGUUUUCUUCUUUGGUUGUUUUAUGUACCGUUUAUAUCUUUUUUGGGACUAACUUAUUAAUUCAGUGCCAAGUGCCAGUUCCUUUUUUUCCCAUGUUUUUGACUCUUUUCAGAUUUGAUUUUGGAACGGAGUCCAAAUGGAAGAAAGACCCCGAAAUGAUUUUUUCCCGAACAGAAGAAGAUCAGGGGGCCUUUGGGCCAAGCCAGGUGGGAUCCAGGGAGCCCACAAGCCCCCACUCCACCACCAGGGGGGGAGGCUGCGAUGGGCAGGCUUCUGGCCUCCCUGGCCGCCCCCUGAUCUAGAUCUUUGGCCUAUAAAUUCGCAAAUAUUCUGCCAAAGAUCAGGGGAGCCUCGAAAAUACUUUUCCGCCUCCGCAAGCUUCCUUUUCCGCGAGAUCUCAUUCGGAGACCCUUCCCGGCACCCUGCCGGAGGGGACUUUGGAGUUGGAGGGCUUCUUCUUCAUCAUCAUCGCCCCUCCAAUGACUCAUGAGUAGUUCACUUCAGACCUACGGGUCCGUAAUUAGUAGCUAGAUGGCUUCUUCUCUCUCUUGGAUCUUCAAUACAAAGUUCUCCAUGAUCUUCAUGGAGAUCUAUCCGAUGUAAUCUUCUUUGGCGGUGUGUUUGUCGACAUCCAAUGAAUUGCGGAUUUGUGAUCAGAUUAUCUAUGAUAUAUAUUUGAGUCUUUGCUGAUUUCUUAUAUGCAUGAUUUGAUAUCCUUGUAAGUCUCUCCGAGUCUUGGGUUUUGUUUGGCCGACUAGAUCUGUGAUUCUUGCAAUGGGAGAAGUGCUUGGUUUUGGGUUCUGCCAUGUGGUGACCUUUCCCUGUGACAGUAGGGACAGCAAGGCACACAUCAAGUAGUUGCCAUCAAGGGUAAAAAGAUGGGGGUUUUAUCAUUGGUUUGAGAUUAUCCCUCUACAUCAUGUCAUCUUGCUUAAGGCGAUACUCUAUUCUUAUGGACUUAAUACACUAGAUGCAUGCUGGAUAGCGGUCAAUGUGUGGAGUAAUAGUAGUAGAUUCAGACAGUAUCGGUCUACUUGUUUUGGACGUGAUGCCUAUAGAAAUAAUCAUUGCAUAGAUAUCGUCACGACUUUGCGCGGUUCUAUCAAUUGCUCGACAGUAAUUUGUUCACCCACCGUCUACUUGCUUUCAUGAGAGAAGCCACUAGUAAACACUACGGCCCCCGGGUCUAUUCACAUCCAUCAUUUACAUCUCCGCUUUUACUUUGCUUUGUUACUUUGUUGCUUUCAGUUAUCACUUGGCAAACAAUCUAUAAGGGAUUGACAACCCCUUCAUACCGUUGGGAGCAAGUUUUUGUGUUUGUGCAGGAUCUUGAGAUACUCCUCCACUGGAUUGAUGCCUUGGUUCUCAAACUGAGGGAAAUACUUACCACCGCUACGCUACAUCACCCUUUCCGCUUCGAGGGAACACCAACGCAAGGCUCAAAGUCUCCCCUUUUACUUUGCUUUGUUACUUUGUUGCUUUCAGUUCUCACCUGGCGAACAAUCUAUAAGGGAUUGACAACCCCUUCAUAGCGUUGGGAGCAAGUUUUUGUGUUUGUGCAGGAUCUUGAGAUAAUCCUCCACCGGAUUGAUACCUUGGUUCUCAAACUAAGGGAAAUACUUACCACCGCUACGCUACAUCACCCUUUCCGCUUCGAGGGAACACAAACGCAAGGCUCCAAGGCCACGGGGGAAAUCCUUUGCAUACUUACCUAGGAAGUCCCUUAAGGCAUAGCCGCAGCAGAAAGAUCAAGCCAAGUAUUCUCCCGUCUACGUGCCUAUUUCUGGCGCCGUUCGAAGGUCUUUUUUUGCAGUAGCAACCAGCUAAAUCAACAUUUCUAGCUCAAGAAUAGGGUCACCAAGGUAGCAAGAAUACGCGAAGGAUAAAACAGUAGAGCAAAAACUAAUUGGAGCAAUGGAGGUGUCACUUACCAAGAAGUAAUUUCCCCAAAACGGUUCGGAUAAUGGUGCUUUGAGCAAGGAGAUCGAAAAUCACAGCCAAAUGAGCAAGAACACGGGUUUGAGCUACGAAACAAUUUUUUCUGGAGGUGAAAGAAGAGGAUGGGAGUUGGAAUGAGUGGAGGGGGUCCCUGUGGGCCGCACAAGCUUGCUAGCCGCCACGAGGGGGGGCGGCAGCUGCAGGGCUUGUGGCCCACUGGUCGGGCCCCCAGGCCAGCUCUCAGGCCCAGUAUUUUUCAAAUAUUCUAGAAAAAAUCAUACUAGAUUUUCAGGACCAUCGGAGAACUUUUAUUUUCGGGGUAUUUUUCUCCAGGACGCUAAAACAGAAAACAGGAAAAUCUAAACUAAAUCUAUCAUUUUUCUUCUAAGCAAUAGAAAAUGAAAGCUCAAAACAGAGUUAUGUGACUCUUUGAUUCAUCCAUUUCAUGGUCAUCGAAAGAAAUCCGUCAAUGGGGUUGAUCAAGUCCUCAUGACAAAACCUUCUCGAAUCGCAAGAGAGAACGGAGAAUUUUCGAAUAACCACUAAGUCACCUCAAUGGGGAUAUGUAUCUCCCCAACAAGCAAAUCAUACUUCAUCUUGACACGAGGAAUAGGGCAUUCAAAGCUCCCAACAAGAAUCGAUGAAGGCUUUUCAAUAGCAUUGAUGCAAUGUACUUGAUAUCGUUUCUUCGGAAAGUGCACUGUGUGCUCAUUACCGUUGACAUGGAAAGUGAAAUUGCCUUUGUUGCAAUCUAUAACAGCCCCUGCAGUGUUUAAAAAGGGUCUUCCGAGGAUGACGGCCAUGGCAUCAUCCUCGGGAAUAUCCAAGAGAACAAAGUCUGUUAAGAUAGUAGUCUUAGCAACCACAACAGGCACAUCCUCGCAAAUGCCGAUAGGGAAAGCAGUUGAUUUGUCGGCCAUUUGCAGAGAAAUUUCAGUGGGUGUCAACUUAUCCAAUUCAAGUCUACGAUAAAGAGAGAGCGGCAUAACACUAACACCGACUCCAAGGUCACAUAAGGCAUUUCUUACGUAGUUUCCUUUAAUAGAACAAGGUAUAGUGGGCACUCCGGGAUCACCAAGUUUCUUAGGAGUUCCACCUUUGAAAGUGUAAUUGGCAAGCAUGGUGGAGAUCUCAAGAUCUGGUAUCUUCCGUUUAUUAGUCACGAUAUCUUUCAUUUACUUGGCAUACAGAGACAUUUUGAGCAUAUCAGUUAACCGCAUCUGCAGAAAGAUGGGUCUUAUCAUCUCAACAAAGCGCUCAAAAUCCUCAUCAUCCUUUUUCUUGGAUGUCUUGGAGGAAAGGGCAUAGAUCUCUGAACCCAUGGAUCCCUUUCUUUACCAUGCUUCCUAGCAGUGAAGUCAUUCUUAUCGUAUCUCUUAGGUUGUGGGUUAUCAGGAUUAACCGUAGGUUCAAUCUCCACAUCCUCAUCAUUGCUAGGUUGUGCAUUAUUAUGAACAUCACUGUCCAUAUUGUCACCAGGUUCAUGUUCAUCACCAGAUUGUGUUUCUGCAUCAGACGCAGAAAUAUCAUUAGAUUCUUCAGGUGUGACAGUAUUUGGUGAACUGGCAUGUAGGUUUCUAUCAUCCUUCUUCUUCUCAUUAGGAUGACUGGGUGUAUCAGCAUUAAUUCCUUGAGAAUCUUGAUCAAUUCUCUUAGGAUGACCUUCAGGAUACAAAGGUUCCUGAGUCAUUUUGCCUCAUGUAGUAAUGACUCUGACAGAGUUGUCUUUUAACUCAUUGAGCAAGUCAUUCUGAUCUUUAAGUACUUGUUCUACCUGAGUAGUAAUCAUAGAUGAAUGUUUACUCAGAAGCUUCAGAUCAUUGACAUUUCUGUCUACACAAGCACUUAAAUGGCUAAGCAUACGAGUACUUUGUUCCAAAUGUCUGCUAACAUAAUCAUUGAAACUCUGUUGUUUGGCAACAAAGUUGUCAAAUUCAUCAAAGCAUAGGCUAGCAGGUUUGUCAAAAGGAAUAUCACUCUCAUCAAACCUACAUAGAGAAUUCACUUCUACUACUUGUAUCGGGUUAUCGAGACCAUGGAUCUCUUAGAUAGGUGGUAGAUUUUUGACAUCUUCAGAUCUAAUGCCUUUCUCUUGCAUAGAUUUAUUGGCUUCUUGCAUAUCUUCGGGACUGAGGAAUAGAAUACCUCUUUUCUUAGGAGUUGGCUUAGGAGGUGGUUCGGGAAUAGUCCAAGCAUUAUCGUUGAUCAAGAUGUUAUUCAGUAGGAUCUCAGCUUGUUCGAUAGUUUGUUCCCUAAAAACACAACCGGCACAACUAUCUAGGUGGUCUCUAGAGGCAUCGGUAAGUCCGUUAUAGAAGAUAUCAAGUAUCUCGUUCUUCUUAAGAGGGUGAUCAGGCAAAACAUUUUGUAGUUGGACGAUCCUCCCCCAAGCUUGUGGGAGACUCUCUUCUUGGAGUUGAGCAAAGUUGUAUAUUUCCUGCAAGGCAGCUUGCUUCUUAUGGGCAGGGAAAUUUUUCUCACAGAAGUAAUAGACCAUAUCCUAGGGACUACUCACACAUCCAGGAGCAAGAGAGGUGAACCAGGCUUUAGUGUCAUCCUUUAAAGAGAAAGGAAACAACUUAAGGAUGUAGUAAUGGCGGAUCUUCUCCUCACUAGUGAAAAGGGUGGCUAUAUCGUGUAGUUUGGUAAGAUGGCCUACGACCGUCUCAGACUCAUAACCGUGGAAAGGAUCAGAUUCGACUAGAGAGAUUAUCUCAGGAUCGACAGAGAAUUCAUAAUCCUUAUCGGUGAUAAAGAUAGGUGAAGUGGCAAACUUCGGGUCGUAUUUCAUCCUAGCUUUCAUUCAUCCUAGCUUUCAGAGAUUUUUCCUUCCACUUGAGAAGUAAUUUCUCAGCGUCAUAGGCAUCCUUACACGCAAGAAAAUCCUCAUCUAUCUCUCCCUCCAUAACAUAACCCUCAGGUAUAUCAGGCAAUUCAUAUCUAGGAGAGCUAGAUCUAGCAGGAGAAAAAGCAGGUUCUAUCUCAAUAGUAUCGGCAUUUUCAGAAGCAUCACGAGCAAUGGCAGUAGCUCUAGCAAUAUGAGCAUCAAGGAACACCCCUAGUGGAACAUCAGGCAAAGUAGCGUCUCUAGCAGUAUCAAGCAUAGCAUCAUGAGGCAUAGCAUCUCUAGCAGUAUCAGGCAUAGCAUCGCUAGCAGUAUGAGGCAUAGCAUCUCUAGCAGUAUCAGGCAUAACAUCUCUAGUAGUAUCACGCAUAGCAGCAUCAUAAGCAUCAUCAAGCACAGGCGACAUAUCAAGAUUUCUAGCAGGAGGUGAUGUCGCAAACUUACUCAUAACUGAAGGUGAAUCAAGUGCAAAGCUAGAUGGCACUUCCUUACCUCCCCUCGUAGUUGAGGGCAAGACUUUGGUUUUCGGAAACUUCAGAUUCUUCAUAGUGAUCAGCAGAUAUAAAUCCCAAGUAACUUAGAGAAUAUAGCAAUCGCAUCCCCGGCAACGGCGCCAGAAAAAUGCUGAUGGCACUCUCUGGCAAUGGCUAGACGAAUGCUAUUCUCGAUUGCUCAACAAUUAGAAAUUGUCUUGCAAUGACCCACCAGCGCGUGGGAUCGAGGUAGUUUUCGAGGGUAGAGUAUUCAACCCAAAUUUGUUGAUUCGCCAAUAGGAAGUUGGAGGAUACUCUCAAGUAUUAGCAGCUGAAUAUGUCAGAUUCAACCACACCUGAAAGAUUAAUAUCUGCAAGCAAAGUAUCAACAACAAAGUAGUAUGAUAGCAAUGAUGUCAGAAACGAUCUGUUGAUGGCACACUAUUCCUAACUAUCGUAUCAAUGGCGCCAGAAGUUGCCCGUUGACGGAAAUUGUCUUUUUCUGUCAACGUCGAGCGAAUCAGAAUUGUAGCAGGUAUCAGCUGUGUAACGAGUAGCAGCAGUGGCAAGGAACAGUAGUAGUGACAGAAAUAGCAAGUAACAGCAGUAGCAAGUAACAGCAGUAGCAAGUAGCAACAGUAUUCAUCAUGCAACAGUUAUAACACGGAGAUAUAUGUGGCUAGCUCCCGUUCGUCAAUGUGAUGUAGGCAUGCAUUCUGUGUGUAGUCAUACGUGCUUAGGGAAAAGAACUUGCACGACAUCUAUUGUCCAUCCCUCCCGUGGUAGCGGGGUCCAAAAGGAAACUACAGGAUAUUAAGGUUCUCCUUUUAAUAAAGAACCGGACCAAAGCAUUAGCACUUGGUGAACACAUGAACUCCUCAAACUAUGGUCAUCACCGGGAGUGGUUCCGGUUAUUGUCACUCCGGGGUUGCCGGGUCAUAACACAUAGUAGGUAACUACAACUUGCAAGAUUGGAUCUAAAACACACAUAUAUUGGUGACAACAUAAUAAUUUCAGAUCUGAAAUCAUGGCACUCAGGCCCUAGUGACAAGCAUUAAGCAUGACAAAGUAGUAGCAACAUCAAUCUCAGAACAUAUUGGAUACUAGGGAUCAAUCCUCGGCAAAACUAACUCGAUUACAUGAUAGAUCUCAUCCUACUCAUCACCGCCCAGCGAGCCUACGAAUAGAUUACUCACGAACAAUGAAGAGCUUCAUGGAAUUGGAGAGGGAAGAAGGUUGAUGAUGACGAUGGUGACGAUUUCCCCUCUCCGGAGCCCAAAACGGACUCCAGAUCUGCCCUCCAGAUGAAGAACAGGAUGUGGCGGCGCCUCCGUAUCGCAAACGCGACGAAAUCUUCUCUCUUGAUUUUUUCUGGGACGAAAGUGAAUUUAUAGAGCUAAGUUUGGGGGCGGCAGAGCCACGUGGGCCCCACAAGCUUGCUAGCCGCCACCUGGNCUACCCGCCACCAGGGGGGUGGCAGCUAUAGGGCUUGUGGCCCACUGGCCCAUCCCCUCUGGUGGAUCUUUGCGCGGGUAUUUUUCAUAUUUUCUAGAAAUAUUCUUCGUAAAUUUUCAGGACGUUCUGAGAACUUUCAUUUCUGCACAAAAACAACACAAAGGCAAUUCUGCUGAAAACAGCGCGAGUCCAGGUUAGUUCCAUUCAAAUCAUGCAAAUUAGAUUCCAAAACAAGGGCAAAAGAGUUUGGAAAAGUAGAUACGAUGGAGACGUAUCAAUGACGACAAGUACUAUCAAGCAAUGGAGAAUAAAUGCUAAUGAUAUAGAGAUGUGAAACCUCUAUGAAUGAAGAACCGAAAAAACUCCAUCCUCAAAAACGACAUAGAAUAUGCAUAUGAACUCCGUUUUCGAUGAACUUGAACUUGUCAUGAAUAUGACCAUAAGCUCAAGAACGCGCAUAGGGAAAAACCAUCCAAGAACCAAGAAAGAUUAUCUUUCCAAUAAUGCAUUGGUUUGAGCUCUCAACAGACGAUAUGAUCAAGCUACUCACUUGAGAGCCCCCCUUGGUAGUACGACAAUCUAUCCUAUAACCCGGUCUCCCAACUAACGCGCUGAGACCGGUAAAAUAGAAAACCUAUUAAGGACAAAUAUUUGCCUUGCGCAUAGUCCACUUGAGCUAAAUGAUGAUGAUGUUGUACUCCUCAAGAUUGACCACCUUCCUUCAUUGUGUUGGCUUGAUGAAGACUAGUUGAUUGCGCCCCAUACUUCACUAUAGGAAAGCAACUCUUCGGCACAUCUUCACCAUAGUGGACGACAAGAUUCAAGCAUGAUCUCGUCUGAUGCUCCACUUGAACUUGCACGCUGCAAUCUUCCAUGGGUUGAAUGAGACUUCCUGUUGACGCGGUCCCAUGGAAACACACCUACCCCACAUAGAACUUUCACAAAGACCAUGGGUUAGUACACAAAGCGUAAUGGACAAUGCUUACCGUACCAUGGGCUCACUUGAUCCCUCUCGGUACAUCUUGUACGCUUUGUGUGUUGAUCAACUUGAUUUACUCUUUGACUUAGUCUUGACCAACGUUGUGUAUUUAUGACCAAUCUUUGGAUAAAACCUUGAAUACCAUAUUGGUCAUCAUAUAAACUCUUUGAAACCAUUAGAUGGACUUCAAGAAGUGCCUAUGAACAAAUCCUUCGAAUAUAACUCAAGGCAAGCAUAUGCUCUAACAAUUCCCUACCAGGCACAUCAUUCAAAAGGAUGGAAGGUGUUCCAUAGGAUAGUAUCUUAUUGAUCCAAGUGAUGGAUCCAAUUUUUACGCACUUUUUAUAGCUCAUUUGUCGCCUAUUAUCUCCAUAUAGCAUGUUCUAUUGAGCAAAUGACAUGUACAUAUGCAUAAUUUCAAUUAUUUAUCAUGUCCAACACAAGGAUUGCAUAAUCGUUAUUCUUUGUUAGUGCUUAUAUGUGUCUUAUUUGUUUUUGUGUGUUUUGUAAGCAAUGUGGAACUCCCAUCCACUUAACACAAUGAAAAGGAUCCAAACGGAGGACAUCUAGGCACCAGACUUAGGCAGUCGGUUUUCAGAUGCUAAAAAUCAAUAUCUGCAUUGUAGGUUCAUGAGCGUUCUUCUCGUGAUUCCAACGAGUAGAGGAACGUUGAAAACAGAGUAUGGAUGUCAAAUUUACAAUUUUACCGAAGAGUCCAAACCAUUUAGUGACCUUUGGGAGGGAAAAAAUACUCGUCCCAGGCCCACACAAGCUCAAAAGUUGCAGGAUUUCAUUAUCGUUUGUUCCUACUACUUUCUUGUCCAUCAAGGGAUGUUUUGGGAAAGGAUUUGGUUCACCGAGAGCACUUAUAUCAAAGUAGAUGCUACAUCAAUGAAAGAGGGUUUGGGAGAGCUCUUAUAAAUAUAUCUCCAACCCUAACCACUCGGGGACACCAUCCAUAUCCACCUAUCCAUGCUCAGCUGUCAUCCCCAUCAAGAGGAACUUGGGGGUUGUGCCAAGCCUACAUCUCCAUUGUUGCAACCUUGGAGGAAGACUAGGAGGGAGUCAUGCUGGAAAAGCGUCAUGGGGGCUGCGGUCAUGGGCCAUAGCUGUCACAUCGUCCUCACCUAGCUACACCCCUUCUCAUUCCCCCAUCACGGUCUCCGUGAUGAAUUGUAACAACUCUUGAACCCCUUUAUAUGUGAUGUUAUUUGAGUAAUUCUUGGCUAUGGGUUGAUCAGCUAGUAAGCAUUUAUUUGAUAUGCGUCGUCUAUUUAUGCCUAUCAUCUUCAUGUUAUUAUUUACCCUUGCGGUAAUUUAGUGAUUGCAGCUGUACCGUCCAUUAGUGUAGUUGGAGACGUUCAACUCCCUAGGUCACACAUGAAGUUGAUAGAUACUUGUCCAUAUCGAGAGACCUCCGGGGUGACAGGCAUCGAUAUCUUGAGGGGAAUAAAAUUAUCCGAAGGAUCACGGUUGUUCAUAGAACUUAUUGCAUUCGGUUCAUGCCUUAUGAUAUUAAUGUCUUUCUUUUGCCCACUCACAGUAUGGGACAGGAAAUAGGAAGAGAGAGUUGUCUGAGUAUGACGAUGUUUGAGAGACAAUGUUAUGUGAGGGACCGCCCACCAUUGAUCAAUUGCGAUAUCGUAUAAUGCAAGGUAUAGACUUAAUUGUAGGUUUUAAUAGUUGAGAUAUAGAGCUUUUUGUCCUACCCACUAAUGUUUAAAACAAGGUAUGGUGUAGCUCAGCUCCAUUGUCACAAAGAGUGGUAAAAAAGUUGAGAUAUAGAGCUUUUCUUUUCGUUCCUACGCACAUAGUUGAAAAAAUCACAUCAAGGCCAAUGGACCAAAGAACAGCCAUUCCCUUCGCCAAAGCGAGGCGCAGAUGCGCUGUUGUCUUCUCUCCCACACAGGAGCUAGCCUCAUCAUGUCCAUGACAACUAGGAAGUCUUACUUGCACGUGCCCCUAAGUACCUGUGUUCUGGAACCACGGUUAUCCCCGAAUCGGUUUGAAGAACCUGACACGAAAUCUCGAUGUGCGUACGCACCCGAGAGGCUCCAUCUAAUCCUUCCUCGUGGACGAACUUCAAGAGGAUCGGAUCCCGAAAGACUAACUCGAAGAAGAAGCAUAACCAUCCAUCCCAGCACCAUCCGUAUGAGAGCUAAAACCCUACCUAUGUACUAGACGGAGCUGAGGCACCAGGAGUCCCCUUCCCGCCGAGGGGAGUCAUAUACAUAGGUUGGUCGACGGAUGUCAAGGGGAUGAAAGCUUUACCUAGUCGCCUUGCGAGAGGGGAAAGAACUUGUUCUACGUGUGGUCGGUUACUAUGCUAGUUGAGUUAAUUAUACCAAGAAAACACAUAUUUCAUUUUGAGAAACAUGCAUGUACACCACCCCUUUCAAUGCGCACACACACACUCUAUGCCUAUGAACAUUUACGAGAGAGUGAGCCAACAGACCUUAUGAUAAAAUAAAAAUACUUUACCCGCACCACUCAAAUGGCGUACUCAGACAAUUUGUAAUCAAAAAAUCUUGGGCUUAAAAUGAAACCAAAAACAAGGAAAGGUGGAAAAAGGUUGUGUGGCAACCACCCUAUAACAUCAAGAACUGAAACUUCCAUCAGACACAAUGCAUCUGAGGGCCACGCAACCUUUGAAAUGGAUAUGGCAGUGGCUGCAACAAGGCCAUUCCCAGGUACAACAAAUAAAGUCUGAGUUCAUCAAAACAAUGCCUUCAACAAGGCCAUUGCCACGUACAAAUAAUAUAGGCCAGACCAUUAGCUUUCACCAUGGAAAUCAAAACUCAUUACUCGAGGAGCAGCAUCAAAUUGCAGUCCUUCAGUGUUGCCGCCCCCGCUUGCCGAGACCGCUGUUGCAAGUCACCAAACACCUGGCACAUAGUCUUCAUCGUAUCCAAUACACCCUUCCAAUAAAGCUUAAGACCUCCAAUCACAGCGUCCAAGACUUCCUCCACCUCUAUUCAUGCCUUAGAAAUCAUAAAUUCGACAUGUCCAUGACACCCGUAAGAAAUCGAACAUUCGCGCCAUGCCCUCUCGAGCUGGGUUGGAUGAUAAUAUUAGCGCGCGCAACCGGAGCCUUUCCAGUCUAGAUAUCCAGGUUCGACAUACGUCAAUCUGUAUAGAUCUCUGAGGGGGAAGACCAGAAUGCGUCAGCAACCCGAUCCAAGAGGUCGACAUUAGGUAGAAAGACAACUUGGCGGAACAAAAGCGCUAUGGCCAAAGCACCAUUUUUAGGCCGAACCACACUCACCCACCUCCAAAGAAAACGAGCCACUCCGCACUAUGCCAAAUGCUCCAGCCACCAUACCGAGCACCACUCCGAGAAACACACCCCUGAACAACCUCCAUUUUACGGACUCAUGGCGCCAGGUCCCGAAUCCGGCUGCUCCCCGGGAGGAACGAGUCACUAGACGGCGUAGCAGCAAGCACCGGCUAUGCAUGCACUCCGGCCUGGUCGGUCCAGAGUGAUCACGAUGUUCAUCCACAUGAUUGCUAUAUCAUUGAGAGGUCAUGGUUGAUCGCAUCAUUUUGCAGGGUGCUUCAUCAUCAUGAAAUGAAUGAAUAUACGCUUCCUUUUUUGUGGGUUAGAUUCCACGAUGAUACAAAAUCUGGACUCACGAUACAUAAUUUAUGGGUUCAGUGGGGACGACAUGAACAGAGCAAAUGGACAACAGUGGGUUCUAAAAUUUUAGCUCAUGGAUGAAAACAAAGUUUUACCUUGCUUGGACACCCAAUUAAGUAGCAUUUCUACUCGCAAAAAAAAUAGCAUUUCCAAUUAAAAAAAAUCCUCCAUGACAUGUAAAUGAUUAGGCGUAGAAAAUAGUACUCCCUCCGUCACGGUUUAGAAGGCACAGUUAGACUUGCGUGCGUUUUCAAAAUAGACAAAGAUUAAGGCACAUUGCAUUUACUCCUAGCAGUUAAUUAGUAUUCCGUUGUACUAUUUCUAUAUGCAUGUGUAGUGUGAAUGCUAUUUUUUAACUCAUUGUAUAGCCAAUCAAUAACCACCUAGGUCCUAGAGAAUUUGCAUGCACGCCUUCUAAACCGUGACGGAGGGAGUACAACACUUUUGUAGUCCAAUGAAUAAUUGUGAAUAAAACAUAUAAAAGGUCAUGAUGACACACAUCACACAUGCAGCAAAUAUAUGUUAAUUAACUGCAUAAAAUGUUAUAAAAUGAAGCACCAAAUUUUACAAGCAAGCAUAAUUGGUUGACAAGUUUGUCUUAUAAGUAAAUAAAAGUGGAUAAAGGAUGUACGAUUAACAUUCGUCCUGCCUGUGCCACUGAACCUAAAUCGCCAAUCAACAAAGGAACUUCUUCGUGCACCUUUGAAGCGUUACCCGUCGGAAUAUGAAGCGAAAAGAAUAAUAGAGUACAUGCAAGGCUGGAAAAAGGAUUUGUGGCAAUCACACAUUGACAUGGACGACUGAAAUUUUCGGCACACACAACGCAUCCAACGGCCAUGCCUCUUACACUAAUCCGGAGAGAUAAGGAAACCAGGCAACCAACAAACGCCAGCCACCCCUUCCACAUCUUGAUUAAAGAUAGGAGCUCACAUGGCUAUAUAUACCGUGCUGAACAGGCAAUGGGGGCCUCAAGUGUAGCCGGCAUCCUCCUCUCUACAGUUAAUACAGUACCAUGGCCCCCGCCGUGAUGGCUUCGUCGGCUACCACCGUCGCACCCUUCCAGGGGCUCAAGUCCACAGCCGGUCUCCCCGUCAGCCGCCGCUCCAGCGCCAGCCUCGGCAGCGUCAGCAAUGGCGGAAGGAUCAGGUGCAUGCAGGUAUGUCGGGGCACAAAACUGAUAUGAGUUUCUUCCACAUUACAAUUACUGCACUUAGCAGUUACUAGCACUAAGUGUUAAGCGUUCCAUAAUUUCCAAUCAUUCAGGUGUGGCCGAUUGAGGGUAUCAAGAAGUUCGAGACCCUGUCUUACUUGCCACCCCUCACCACGGAGGCCCUCCUGAAGCAGGUUGACUACCUGAUCCGCUCCAAGUGGGUGCCCUGCCUCGAGUUCAGCAAGGUUGGCUUCGUCUUCCGUGAGCACAACAGCUCCCCCGGGUACUACGACGGCCGAUACUGGACAAUGUGGAAGCUGCCUAUGUUCGGAUGCACCGACGCCACACAGGUGCUUAACGAGGUGGAGGAGGUCAAGAAGGAGUACCCUGACGCUUAUGUCCGUAUCAUCGGCUUCGACAACCUGCGGCAGGUGCAGUGCGUCAGCUUCAUCGCCUUCAGGCCACCGGGUUGCGAGGAGUCCGGCAAGGCAUAAACUACGAGGUGAAACAAUGGCCUAUGUCGUAUGAAGGUCUUUUGUGAAUUUCACUUUUGUCCACGACUCUGCUUUCCGACCAGAGCAUAACUUUCUUCUUUAUGAUCUGUGUAUGUACGAGCAUAGGUUGUGGAGCAUAUAUGCAUAUGUAAAUUCUAGCACCCCCUACACAUAUCCAACACCUGUGUCAUAUUUAUAAUAUACAACAAGCGGACCAUUGUCUUGCUGUUAAUUAUCGGAAAAGUUUAUUUUAUUUAGCACUGCAAUGGAUGUCUCACAACUAGUGGGUGGAAGAUUCCAGUAUUUGACAUUAAGACCCACUGAUUGGCAACUGCAAUUUUCAGUUUCUUUAUUUAUAUCAAUCUAUACUUAUACUAAUUAGGGACUCUCAAUAAAUUCCCACGUUAAUUAAAAAAUUAGGACCGUUCAUCUAAUGGGACCGAGUUAUAACGGUCUAGAUUAGCCCGAUACACGUUAAUUAGAAAAUUAGGAUCGUUCAUCUAAUGGGACCGAGUUAUAACGGUCUAGAUUAGCUCAAGUAAUUUCCGGAUUAAUCAUAAAUACUCCCAGCCCACGUGACCUAACCCUGACUUCUCCCCACGUACAUCUUUCUCCAAUCUUCGUUUCCUAUAUGCGACCGUGAUAGCAGAUGCCAUGCAUCAUAUCCAGUGUCAUAUCUAUGGUUUAGAUCAAAUAAUCAAUCGUGGCAGUCUAAGCCCUAAAGCAAUCCCAUCUGCAGUCUUACCCCAACAAUGAUCUAAAGCAGUCCAUCAAGUCUGUUCCCAAUCUUCUUUCCUCGAUGACUGUUGAAUCUCAGCAACCCCAAGUCCAAAGCUAUGACGCAAAUCGUGGUGGCUGAGGAGGAGGUUGACCUUCAAUCCACUCAGCUUCUAGACCUUGACCAAACAUCAAUGCAUGUUCGAAGCUACAACGGCGAAGGAGGUUCAUCGAGGGCAGUUUGGAUCAGAUCGUAUAUUGUCACCAUUGUUUGUAAAGCUUCAGCGUGAAGGAACUAUGGCAGGCUGAUGGUGCCGUGGUUUAGCUUCUUUAUACUGCUGGAGUUCGUCCCCUAUGCAGGCAAGUAAUCCAUUAUCUUGAAUUUAGGAUUUAUUCUACAACCGUCUCAAUUAAUCAUAAAUUCCCAAUAAAUUAUAUUAAUCGUAUGACUAAAAAAGGUACUGUAUAUGCCCAUCUAUCACCUAACAGUAUUGUUCAGUAGUUGAUCAUGCACUCUACGGAACGAGGAGAAUCACUCUACGGCCGGUGGUCUGCAAUUCUGCAUCUCCUACAGUAGAAGAUGGUUGAUGGAGGUUGUGUCAGUACGUACGACUGUUUGAAGUUAAUUGGGUAGGUGCAGUCAUUGGUGUGCUGCUAAGUAGAAGAACUGUGCCCUGCAAAAAAAAGGUAGAACCGUGACAGCGUAGCACGAAGCUAUUCAUCUCCUUGACACAAUUCAGUUUCGUUGAAGAUCACACCUACGGACUACUCCCAUCAAUGGGAAAUUAGCUAUGUAUCCUUAAAUUCUUCGCUUAAGAUAAUAUUUCUUCAUAUAAUUUGCAUGUAGUAUCCUAUUCAAGCUGUUGAUAUGUCCACAAUUUUAACCGUGAGUUCUUCAAUUGAUGUUAUAUGUUUAAUAGGAAUAGGUCGUGUAGCUAAUGUUUAAUAUACGUUAAUUCAUGGUCUGAUCCACUUUCCAAUGUCUCAUCUAAUGCUUUUACAUGACAUCUGAUAUAGGGUAAUACACCAAUAUUUUCUCUUACUUCCAGCUGAUGCUUAACUAUGUUAUCCAGUUUCCAAUCUGUAGAUAGAUCGCUAAAUGAGUUCUACUAGGAACCUAUUAGGAUAUUAUAUUAUUUUUAGUUAUUCUCAUACGGGAUAUGCACAGCUUUUACUCAGUUCUAAUUAAACCAGAAGCACCUACUAAAUGAUCUAAACGUAUAUUUGUUCGUGCACAAUGCCCAAUUACUUCUUUUCAGAUAAAAAUACCAAGUUACUUUCGUAUGUUGCGUCAUGCUUCCCAUAAUUAUUGAUACUUCGAAACAACCUAUGCACAAGGCAAUAUAUUUUCCCGUGUAGUAGUCCAACCCAAUUUCAUUCCAACAUGAGAAAACUUGUGGAUACACCAUCUCUGCCCCUCACACGGCCUGAUGGCUGAUUGUGUCCUCAUCUAUGUCCUCCUCUUCCNNNNNNNNNNNNNNNNNNNNNUUCCUCCCCCUCUCCCCUCACUCCCACCUGCCGUAGCAUCACUGUGACAUCUGUAUGCCUCCAAUUUGUCGCAUUUCUGGAGCACGAGAAAACUACAAGAGGCUAACAAGGCUACAUACGACAUAACUAUGGUAGGCUGUUGGCACUGCUGUUCACCUUCUUAAUAUCCUUGGAUGUUGGACUCUACGCCGGCCUCUCCCAUCUUGAGUGUUGGUGGCUGCAUGAUCUGAGCAUCGGCUUGGAUGGCGUCCAAUAAAGACACCAUGCAUUACUGGCAGUGUAGACUCUGACACACACAAGUAUAUGAUCUAAGCUUUUCGUUGGCCCAAAACGCACACAUACUGCAGCCAAGAUUAAUCGACAUCAAUGCCCAAUUACUUCCUUUCAUACAACAAAACAUAUCAACGCCAACAUGUGUGGGAUGAGAAGGCGCUGGGCUGCAUGCCAGUGUGGGCCUAUGCCAGGGGGACAAGACGACACUCUCAGCCUCGGAGAUGCUCCCGAUGCACUGCAAGCACCAUUGCAAAUUCGGAAUACGGUCUUUCUAUUCCCAUCUUCAUUUCCUUGUGUAUAAAUUGCUAACUGCAUGUACAUGACAGAUAGCAACAACAAAUUCUAAAACAAUCCCUCUCAUAUAGGCUAUACCACAUGGGAAAGAUCAUGAAUGUUGCGGUUCAAUUAUAAUCUAUUUGCAAUACCUAGAUUUUGUUUUUAGAUGUUUUGAGAGUAGUGUUCGUAAUUACAGAUGAAAACGUAAUCCUAUUGUUGUUGUGGCCUCUUGAUUUCUCCAUCAUAACAAGAAGAGGAAGUGUACACAUGUUGAAGUCACGUUUAGGCAUCAAUGUGAGUGGUAUGUAAGCAAACAUUGUCUAAUGGCCGACUAUAUGUUUCUUGAAUAAAAAUAAUUAUACAAUAUGAUUACAUAACGCUGCAAGCAGAUCCUAGAAAAAUAUAAAUGAAAUUGCACAAUAAAUUUUUUUGUGACCAUGAUUAUAUGAAUAUUAGUUUAGUCAUAGUAUAUCAUCAACAUAUUUAUUUUUAUGUUAUAUUUUGUAAUGCUGAUAUGUUCACAAAAAUAGUAAUAUUAGUAGUAGAAACUAAUAUUUUUGUACCAUUAUUAGUAGUAUAAUUUAUCACAAAAAUGUGAACCAAUGAUUGUAAAGCUUUUCCCACAACAUAAGCUAUUACUUGAAUGUGAUAAGGUGAGAUAGUAUUAUGACCAAAUGUUACGAGUGCAAGUUAAUUAUUAUAUCACAGAAAUAACUGAAUCAUUUCAUUUCAUUGUCUAACAAAUAAGUAUGCCCUCAAUUUGAAUUUAUUCGCAUAUGAGUAUUAUCUCGAGUUAGACUUCUACGAUACCGAAACAAUACCAUUAGACUCAUUAUUGAAUAUAUUUACACAUCUUAUAAGUUUUGAAAAAUGAACUUAUUAGGAAGUAUAAAAACCAGUCGGCCCACACAACCCACCAGAUGAAUUUAAAUUGACCUGCGAUAAAAUUAAUUACCACUCACCCUAUUAGGGUAGCCCGUGCGAAUGCACGGGUUCACGACUAGUUUAUCUAAUGUAGGUUAGAGCAACACCAACCAGGCCCCCCAAACGGACGCUCGUUUUGUCCGUGUUUUGUCCAUUUUGGUCGGCUUGUUCGUCCUGUUUUCGUUUUGGGUCCGUCGUGCGUCCAAUGCGCCCAUGCUUCUUUCGCGCUAUGCUUCUUUCGUUAGUGUGGUAGGCUUGCAGCCAUUUUUUGAUCUCUUUGUUACAUAUGUUUAAAAUUUAAUCCUAGAUUAACGAAGUUGAGUAAAAAUACAACCAUUUCAUAGUUCACAAACCACAUAAAUAUCUGAUAGUUUACAAGCCAAAUUUACAUUAAAUUGUCUCCAACACAUUUGAAAGAAAAGGUUGCCAACACAUCUAUUGGUUGCCAAUAUGAAUGCACAUAUGCUCGCAGCUGCAUGUGAGUUUCAAUCACGUAUCUGAUGAUGAAAUUGGACGAACUAUGCAAACGUGAUCACUCCUCCAUGCACAGGCACAACAUUGUCACCCUGUUGAAUCCUAGGUUUUCAUUGGAAUUGCCUACCAGGCACACCAUUCAAAAGGAUGGAAGGUGUUGCAUUGGAUAAGAUCUUGAUCCAAGUGAUGGCUCCAAUUUGUACACAAUUUUAGAGCUCAUUUGUCGCCUAAUAGCUCCAUAUAGCAUGUUCUAUUCAGCCAAUUACAUGUCCAUAUGCAUGAUAUCCAUUAUUUGUCCUUUCUGUCACAAGGAUUGCGUAAUCAUAAUUCUUUUUUAGUGCUUACUGUGUUUCUUUGUUUUUGAGUGUUUUGUAGGUAACGUGGAACUCCCAUACACUUAACCCAAUGAAAAGGAUCCAAAGGUAAGGACAUACAGGUACCAGAUUUAGGCAGUCGGUUUUUUAGUUGCUCAAAAUCGAUAUCUGAUAUUGUACGUGCAUCAGCAUUGUUUUCAUGAUUCCAACGAGCAGAAGAACAUUGAAAACAGAGUCUGGAUGUAAAAGUUACAAUUUUACCAAAGAGUCCAAAGCGUUUAACGACCUUUGGCAUGACCCAAAAUGCUCGUAUCAGGCCGUGACAAGCUCGAAAGUGGCCCUUUCCAAAGGAAUUCUUCGAGGCUUUCUUGUUCAGUGCCACAAGAAAGUGGUACUAUCAUUAUUAACUUUGUAUUUGUUGGCGUCAAUGUUAUGGACAUCAAUAUCACUACUAUCUAGAUUCAAAAAGAAUAAACCAUUCACAGUAGGCUCAUGACCAUAAAAGAUGUUACCCAUAUAAAUGGAACAACCAUUAUUCUCUAGUUUAAGUGAAUAACUGUCUCGCAAUAAACAAAAUCUAGAUAUAAUGUUCAUGCUCAAGCGGGCACCAAAUAACAAUUAUUUAGGUUUACAACUAAUCCUGAUGGUAAUCGAAGAGCGAUUGUGUCGACCGCGAUCACAUCAACCUUUGAACCAUUUCUGACGUGCAUCGUCACUUCGUCCUUUGCCAACCUUCGUUUAUUCCGUAGUUCCUGUUCAAGUUACAAAUAUGAGUAACCAAACCGUUAUCAAAUGGCAUUACUACGAGAGCUAGUAUGGUACACAUAAAUAACAUGUACAUCAAGUAUAUCUUUAUUGAUGUUGCCAGGCUUCUUAUUGGCCAGAUACUUGGGUCAAUUCCGCUUAUAGUGACCAGUUCCAUUGCAAUAGAAGCACUCAGUCUCAAGCUUGGACACAACUUUGGGUUUCUUGAGGGGGGGAACUGGCUUGUCGUUAUUCCUGAAGUUUCCCUUCCUGCCCUUGCCUUUCUUCAAACUAGUGGUUUUAUUCACCAUCAACACUUGAUGCUCCUUCUUGAGUUCUACUUCCGCGAUUUUCAGCAUCGCGAGAUUAGCUUCUUCAUCCCUUGCAUAUUAUAGUUCAUCGUGAAGUCUUUGUAGCUAGGUGGCAGUGACUAGAGAACUAUGUCAGGACCGUCUCAGGUGGAAUCUCAACUCCCAACUGAUUCAGGCGGUUGUACCACACACACAUUCUGAGUAUGUGCUCACUGACAGAACUAUUAUCUUUCAUCUUGCAGGUGAAGAAAUUAUUAGAGGUCUCAUACCUCUUGAUCCGGCCAUUUGCUCGAAAUACUAACUUCAACUCCUGGAACAUUUGAUAUGCUCCAUGGCGUUCAAAACGGUUUUGAUGUCCCAAUUCUAAGCUGUACAACAUGGUACACUGAACUAUCGAGUAGUCAUCAGCACGCGCCUGUGAGACGUUCAAAAAAUCUGCAUACGACACUAGAGGGGUGGCGUCUCAAGCGCUGCAUCAAGGACAUAAGCCUUUUGCGAAGCCGUGAGGAUAAUCCUCAGAUUAAAGACCCAGUCUGCAUAGUUAUUUCCAUCAUCUUUCAGCUUAUCUUUCUCUAGGUACACAUUCAAAUUCAGGGGAGCUACUGUGUGAGCCAUUGAUCUACAACGUAAUUUGCAAAGACAUCUAUAGACUAUGUGUCAUGACAAUGAAUUCAAUUAAUCAUAUUACUAAAGAACUCCCACUCAAAUCAACAUCCCUCAGUUGUCUAAGUGUGACAUGAUCCAAAUACACCAACCCAAGUCCGAUCAUCAUGUGAGAUGAGGUGAUUUCAAUGGUGAACAUAUCCAUUUGAUGAUAUGUACUACAUGACUCAUGUUCGACCUUUAGGUCUCCUCUAUUCCGAGGCCAUGUUUGUACAUGCUAGGCUCAUAAAGUUUAACCCAAGUGUUUUCCAUGUGCAAAACUGGCUUACAACACUUGUAUGUGAACGAAGAGUGUAUCACACCUGAUCAUCACGAGGUGCUUCGAAACAACAAACUUUCACAACGGUGAGGGAUCAACUUAUAAUGCUAUCAUUGUCCUAAGGAUAAUAAGAUGCAUAAAAUAUAAACAUCACAUGCAAAUCAUAUAAGUGACAUGAUAUGGCCAUCAUCAUCUUGUGAUUCUGAUCUCCAUAUCCAAAGCACCGGCAUGAUCUCCAUCGUCACCGGCAUGACACCAUGAUCUCCAUCAUCGUGUCGUCAUGUGGUUGUCGUGCUAACUAUUGCUAACUCAUAGUGAUAAAGUAGAGCAAAUGACACAAAUAAAUAAAAGACAACCCUAUGGCUCCUACCGGUUGUCGUACUCAUGGAGAUGGAAGUUGUGAUAACUAUACAAAACAUGAUCAUCUCAUACAUCACAUAUAUCAAAUCAUGUUUUUGGCCAUAUCACAUCACAACAUGCCCUCGACAAACAAGUUACACGUCCUCUACUUUGUUAUUGCAAGUUUUACACGGCUGCUAUGGGAAACUAGCAAAAAUCAUUCUUACAUACGCAAAGCCACAACGGUGAUAUUCAAGUUGCUAUCUAACCUUCUACAAGGACUGCCUGUGUCGAAUCCGAUUCAACUAAUUAAAUUGAGAGAGACAAACACCCGCGAACCACCUUUAUGCAAGCAAGUUACGUGUUAGUUGGUCAAACUAGUCUCUUAUGCGUGGACAGGUACGGUUGGUCCGAACCGCUCCAUCCCAGAAUAUCGCUGAAUCAAAAUAAUACUAAGGAGCUAAGCAAGAUGAACAUCAACACCCACAAACACUUUGUGUUCUACUUGUGCAUGCCAUCUAUACAGAAACCUAGCUCAUGAUGCCAGUGUUGGAGAAUGUUGCAUGGGAAACAAUAGUUUUCCUAUGUACACCCAAGAUCUAUCUAUGGAGAUGUAUAGCUACGAGACGGGGAGUGGAUCUACACACCCUUGCAGAUCACUAAGAGGAAACAUUAAGAAACGCGGUUGAUGUAGUUGUAUGUCUUCACGAUCCAAUCAUGAUUCGUCCUGAUCUAGCGCCGGUCAGACGGCACUUCCGUGUUCAGCACACGUACAGCUCGAUGACGUCUUAGCCCCCCAGAGAGCGAUGGUGGAGUAGUAGAUGAGUUCUCCAGUAGAACGGCGGCGUGGUGACGCACUAGUGGAGAAAGGGGUAUUAGAACCGGUUGGUAAGGGCCUUUGGACCCAGAUACACAUCCGGUGCUACGUAUCCGGGACUAAAGCCCCCCCCCCUUUAGCACCGGUCUCUUACAAACCGGUGCUAAAGGCCUCCACGUGGGCGCCGAAGAGUGCGCGCAGGCGGAGGACCUUUAGAACCGGUUGGUAACACCAACCGGUCCUAAUGCUUUUUUUUCUUUUUUUUCCUNUCCAGUUCCGUAUUUCCGUUUACGUCUUUCCGAUUCCGUGUUUCCGAUUCCGUAUUUUGGUGUUUCCGUGUUCCGUAUUUUCAGGGUUUUCGUUUUCGUGUUUCCAGUUCCGUAUUUCCGUUUACGUCUUUCCGAUUCCGUGUUUCCGAUUCCGUGUGUCCGUGUUUCGUUUUUUACGAACACGGAAUCGGAAACACGUAAUCGGAAACACCGAUUCCGUGUUUGCGGUUAAGUGUUUCCGAUUCCGUGUUUGCGGUUAAAUGUUGAUGCACCAAAUAAAAGUACAUAUAUACAUGUAACACGAAGUACUGGACCGAUUAUCAUUACAUAAUUUGAAGUUCGUUUCCUAUGGCUGUAUACUUGCAUAGAGAAGGGAACUGGCUAUUGGUUCGUAGGAUGGAAAAUUUCUCCGCCUUCAUCUAUGACUUGCGUGAGGAGAAAUCCUGCCAAUUCCUCUACAACUGCCUUGCAACGUUGGAUUGGUCUGAGCAUCGCCCGCUUUCGUUGCAGCUUUAAAAGAAGUAGAUGAAAACAAUUAAGUUAUGAACAAAACUAAACAUAAUUGAUGGCAACAUAAAUAAAGUUGUGAAGAUCCGGUUACGUACCUCUAGAUUUCUGGAAGUACGGGAUUUCUCAUUGAUAAUCCUGUGAAUGUACUCGCAAACGUAGUAUCCACAAUAAUCAGUGCCCUGUGGUUGUUGCGGGACGCCCUAUAUACGAGAACAUAAUUCAGUCAAAUUAAUAAUAAUCAAGAGAAUGGUAAUGGUAUUGAAACCAGGGUACGUAGUACUACUUACUUUGUUAAUCUGAAAGUGGAGCUUGUCUGCCCAUGUACCGGGUUCUUCCUUGAUGAACAUUUGCCAAACCCUGGCCGACAAAGAAAAAUGAAUACAAGAGUUAAUUAUUACUUACUUGAUAUCAGGAAAUGAACGAAAAAGAGGCCGAUGAACGAAAGAGGCCGAUAUAUAUAUACCUUUGAAGCAUCUGACGCGCGCUCUUCCAUGUGUCAGCGUCCCAGGUUAACGGGUCCCAGACUUCAACUUGUCCUUGAUCGAUUCUAAUGAUGAACAAUAUGAAGUGGGACCUGCGCACGUGUACACACGAAGUCAUGCAUACUCAUCAAUUACACUUAACAUCAGGUAAGCAAAAUGGAAUGUGUACAAGACAGUAGCACUCACUUGAAUCCGUAGGGCCAAAUAUUUCUUUUUUGGUACUUUGUCGCUUCAAAAACCUUAGCAAAUCAUCCGGUGUAUCCUUGUUGAACUUUUCUAUUGUCUCUUGAUGAAACGAAUACGGGUCAAUGAACCCAAAGUCCCAGAUUCCUGCCAGCCUGCAUUCACGAAUCUUCAUUCUGCAUAGUAGCAUACAAAAAGAAUAUCUCGUGAGUGAUAAUUAUACGGGCAAUGAACGCGAGCUUAACUAAAUAAUUAAAUUACACAAAUAAAUAACUUACAAACAGUAGCAGCUGACGAUAGCUUUGUCGAGGGCACGUUGGUUGUAUAUCUGGAAAAAAUCAUCGAACCCAACCUCCACACCGUACUCUCCGAAGCAGUGUUGAUCCUGAACUGCCGCCAUGAUACAGUCUCUCUUUUGCCUUGCGGCCUCCAAGUACCAAACAUGUAAAUUCCAUAGUUGGGUUGUUAGAGCACUAGGAUUUUCGACCAGAGGGUGCUCGGGCUUAUAUUUAUAUACCACAUCAACAAUAGCGUAACCUACGUCGCCCAUGCGUGGACCGGACACUGAAGCCUGGUCAGAUAACACCUUGAGCGGGGCAAUUGACUGUGCUUCUUGUUGUUCGAGCUGGGGAACUUGUUUCCCGCAUUUCGUCUGCUCCGCCUGCUUCAUCUGUGCGGUGUGCAUCUUUUCAAUGUACCGUUCAUAGUCUGAAAGGGGCGGCGGUGGCGGCGGUUCAGGAUAAUAUAAGUUGUCGAUGGUGCGCUCAAUUUUCCACUUUGGUACGUUCUUCAGAGUUUCCUUCCAGAUGUCUGGAGGGGGCUUCAAGGGAAACCGUGCGAACCAUGCUUUGUUUUUGGCUUUCACGGCCUCGUCUAGUUCCUCCGGAGUCAUCAGGCCUGGUAACUUUGGGGGAGUCUUGACUUUAUUGGGUUUCCUUUCUCUCUUCUUGGGAGGAGUCCCGUUUCUUCUGAACUGCAGCUUCCGCUUUGCCGUACCCGUAGUGGGCGCAUCCGUCGGCUCACUGGAGUGCACGGGCGAUGGACUCUCGGCCUCGGGCUCCCAAUCUUCGUUGUGGGGUGGACUUGGAGGUGCGUUGGGGGGUGGACUUGGAGGUCGUGCAUUCUCUGUACGAAAGUGAAAAAACUAUUAAAAAUAGGCUUACGUGUGGUGCAACAUUCAGUAAUUGUUGGAGGUGGUGCAUUGGUACCUGGAGGAAUCGGUGGCCUUGGCGCCGCGUUAGGAAACACGAUGUGUUUCUUCUUCCACAAGAUGAUACCAAGCUCCAUUUCUCCCAGUGUCUUCUCGCCUUCACCUCCAGGAAUAUCAAGCUCAAUUGACUGGCAUCCCGACGUAAUUGUUGACAACCCGACACGAGCAUGGGAUGCUGGAAUCUGACCACCAUGGUAGGUUGCUCCAGGUUGAUUCGGUAAAGCAUAGCCUGACGCCACCAUGAAGGAUAUGCACCCCAUUGGCAUAUGUAUCUCACAGUUUGUCUUCUCCGUGACAUCAUCCACGGGGUAGUGAGGCGCCGACGGUUCGACUGUAGGACCGUCUUCUAGCUGCAGCUGCGUGGAACCCACGCUGCUUCUAUGCUGAGAUGGGACGGCAUCUGCUACAGGAUCGUCUUCUAAUUGCUGCUGAUCAGCGUCAGGUGCAGGAUCUUCUUCCUCCUCUUCAGUGUCAGGUACAGGGUGUCCCCCUUUCUUCAAGAGAAACGCCACCUUUUCUUCUAAUGUCGAUAUCCGUUCCAGCACCUUCCUCUUGCUUCUACCACGGCUUCUGUAAGUGCCAAGGUCCGCCGGAAAAACUUGGUUCCACGCGGUAGUGGCUCCAAAGCCUCGUGUUCGUCCCCACUUUUCUGGGUUCCCAAGUGCCUUCGUCAACUCGUCGUUCUCUCUAUCGGGAACAAAAGUUCCUUUUCGAACAGCUUCUAUUGCCUUCUCUAGAUCUGAUACGACUUGUGUUAUUUUUUCCGACCAUGGUCCCUCCGCAACAAUCAUCCCAGUCUUAGCAUCCAACGUUGCCCCAUGUGCGAACAACCAGAACUUGGAACUAUCGGGCCAGUCAUGUGUCUGUGGAAUGAUAUUUCUUUUCAGAAGCGCAUCUUCAUAGCGUCGCCACCUAGGGAGGGCAGUCAUGUAGCCACCUGACCCCAAAAUAUGGUGAUAUUUCUUCUUCUUCGCAUUCUCCGUAUUUGUGGCUGAUCGGGAUGUAAAGACACCCGAUUUCUUGUACGCCUUAAAAUCAGGCCAAGCGUCUCUUAUCUUCACUAGGUGCCCAGUGAAAACUGGAUCUUCGUCCUUAUAUUUCUUCCACAAGUCUUUCUUCCACCUCUGGAAUUGUGCGGCCAUCUUCUUCAAAGCCCACUCCUCGACUUUCUUCUUCUUAUCUUCCGCUACGCUGAAAUUUAGCCAGACCAUGUCGCAAAGCACUCUUUUCAAUCUGUCAUCGACAUAAGUAGCUCCAACGUUGGCGCCGGUCUUCGGCUUAUUCCAUUCUAUUAAGUUGAUCGGGACCAGGUCUCUUACAACAACUCCGCACUGAUUUACAAAUUUGCGAUAAGUUUCUGGGGGUUCCAGUGGUUUGCCAUCAGCAGCAACUUUAUCGAUCGAGUACCUUGCAGUAUCUUUCAACCUUGCGGCCGGGCCUCGUUUCGACUUUGUCUCAGUACUUGCGCUAGCUGUUCUGGAGGGCGCCUAAACGGGAAAAUAAUGAUCCGUUAGUAAGUGCAAUACAAAUUAAUUGUUGCGUCAACAGUGACUUGAGAUAUACAUUGGCAGAGUUUGUUCCGGAGGGCACUUCUGCAUCUACUACAUCUUCUAUAUUCUCAGCUCCGUCACCGGAGUCGUUCAAAAAUUGAUUGCUAAACGCAUGUCCACCGUCGUCAUCAUGAUAUAUGGCCGUUGCAUCUUCAAAAAUCAUCUCGCACAUGUAUCUUUCCUUCUCCGCCUCACCCAUUCCCGUGAGCUGAUCGGCGUGCUGAUCAUGUGGUUCUUGGGGAUCCAUAGCUCAACACCUGCUAGUAACAAGAAUUUAACUUAGCAAAAUUAUUUACGGAAAAGUUUUACGGAACCGGAAAGUUUACGGAAAAGUUUUACGGAGUCGUAAUCGUCGGAAAGUUUUACGGAAUCGUCGGAAAGUUUUACGGAAUCGUCGGAAUCGUCGGAAACUUUCCCCAGCAAAACUAGUGAGAGGUCGGGGGGACAUGACGAAAGGGUCCCUUGGCCAACACAGUUAUAUUGUGUGACACAGAUUUCUUCAUCGCAGUUCUGGCACAAAUGCUCGGUUCCGGGGCGAAACAAAAAUUUCGGGCCUAUUAAUACUAGUAAUAGUAUGUGGUUUGCAUAUGACCAUACCACCAUGUUUCGGCAGUUGAUUCAUCUUUAAGAAAUAGUUUUGGAAACAUUGGAUUCUAAAACGUAAGAAGACGAAAAUAGGAACUACAACAAUAUGGAUAUAUCGUGACUUUAAAAAAAAUCACAAGAGUUUAAAGCUCUUCAAUUUACAAUGAUGUGGGUGAAGAUACAUGCAAUCACAUAAAACAAAUUGUAAGAUCUCUAAACUCAAACCAAAUACCAAGAUCGCAUACCAAAUACCAAGAUCGCGUCGGCGUACGAGAUGUUCCCGUGGGAGAAGAAGAUGAAGUCGCUGCUGCCGGUGCCGGAGUCGACGGCAUGGGGUGGCGAGGAGGCGGCGAGGAGGAGGCGAGGAGGCGGCGAGGCGACGAGGAGGCGACGAGGAGGCGAGGAGGAGGCGAGGAGGCGACGAGGAGGCGAGGAGGCGGCGAGGNNNNNNNNNNNNNNNNNNNNNNNNNNNNNNNNNNNNNNNNNNNNNNNNNNNNNNNNNNNNNNNNNNNNNNNNNNNNNNNNNNNNNNNNNNNNNNNNNNNNNNNNNNNNNNNNNNNNNNNNNNNNNNNNNNNNNNNNNNNNNNNNNNNNNNNNNNNNNNNNNNNNNNNNNNNNNNNNNNNNNNNNNNNNNNNNNNNNNNNNNNNNNNNNNNNNNNNNNNNNNNNNNNNNNNNNNNNNNNNNNNNNNNNNNNNNNNNNNNNNNNNNNNNNNNNNNNNNNNNNNNNNNNNNNNNNNNNNNNNNNNNNNNNNNNNNNNNNNNNNNNNNNNNNNNNNNNNNNNNNNNNNNNNNNNNNNNNNNNNNNNNNNNNNNNNNNNNNNNNNNNNNNNNNNNNNNNNNNNNNNNNNNNNNNNNNNNNNNNNNNNNNNNNNNNNNNNNNNNNNNNNNNNNNNNNNNNNNNNNNNNNNNNNNNNNNNNNNNNNNNNNNNNNNNNNNNNNNNNNNNNNNNNNNNNNNNNNNNNNNNNNNNNNNNNNNNNNNNNNNNNNNNNNNNNNNNNNNNNNNNNNNNNNNNNNNNNNNNNNNNNNNNNNNNNNNNNNNNNNNNNNNNNNNNNNNNNNNNNNNNNNNNNNNNNNNNNNNNNNNNNNNNNNNNNNNNNNNNNNNNNNNNNNNNNNNNNNNNNNNNNNNNNNNNNNNNNNNNNNNNNNNNNNNNNNNNNNNNNNNNNNNNNNNNNNNNNNNNNNNNNNNNNNNNNNNCUUUUACAUUUAUUUACAAAUUGUCUAAAUGUUAUUUUAACACUUAAAAAAUAAAAAUGAUAUUUAUCAAAAUGGUCAAAUUUAGUGGAAACUGGUCAAAUUUUUGAUAUUUAUCAAAAUGGUCAACACAAUUACAUAAAAGGUUUAAUACAUUAUUACACAUCACCAACAACACCCCCUAUCUAUUUUUAUUCUUGCCUUUCUUCUGAUUGCGCCGUAACCAUGGAGUAUCUUCAUCAUUUAACGGGAUGCUUGGAUCAUCUUUGACUUUGAAGGGAGGAAUUUCAUCAAAUUUAUUGUAAUCUUCUGACAUGUCUGUCUUGUCCUCGACUCCCACGAUGUUUCUUUUCCUUGAAAGAACUAUGUGGCGCCUUGGCUCAUCGUCUGAUGUAUUCGGCUUCCUUAUCUUUUCUUUUUCUCGGUCUGCUAGACAUGUCCUUCACAUAGAAAACCUGAGCCACAUCAUUGGCUAGGACGAAUUGAUCAUUGCCGUACCCAAGAUUCUUCUGAUCCACUGUUGUCAUUCCGUACUUCGGGUCUAGCUUCACGCCUGACAGGUUGAACCAUUUGCACCAGAACAAAGGGACCUUAAUGGAAGGUCCGUAGUCAAGUUCCCAUAUCUGCUCUAUGUAACCAUAGUAUGUGACCCUUUGCCCGUUGUCGUCUUUUCCAUCAAACCGGACGCCACUGUUUUGGUUGGUGCUCUUUUUAUCUUGGUCUGCCGUGUAAUAUGUGUUACCAUUUAUCUCGUACCCUUUAAAGGUCAAUACAGUCGAAGAUGGUUGCUUGGCCAACAAGUAUAGCUCAUCUUCAACAAUGUUGUCAUUAAUGAAACGUCUUUGCAACCAACCGCCGAAAGUCUUCGCGUGUUCUUUAGCAAUGAAAUCUUCAGGUUGCUCCGGGUAUUCCGAGCGUAAAAUAUCCUUGUGUUCCUGGAUAUAUGGAGCCGCCAAGCUGGAAUUAACUAGAACUGUGUAGUGUGCUUGAGUGAAAGAUUGCUCGUCCAUACAUGUUGUUGAUUUCUUUCCUAGCGUGCCUUUUCCACGCAGUCUCCCCUCAUGGCGCGACUGAGGAACACCGAUCGGGUUCAGGUCAGGAAUAAAGUCAACACAAAACUCAAUGACCUCCUCUGUUCCAUAGCCCUUGACCAUGCUUCCUUCUGGCCUAGCACGGUUUUUAACAUAAUUCUUCAAGACUCCCGUGAACCUCUCAAAGGGGAACAUAUUGUGUAAGAAUACAGGACCGAGAACGGAAAUCUCUUGGACUAGGUGAACUAUGAGGUGCGUCAUAAUAUUGAAGAAGGUUGGUGGGAACACCAACUCGAAGCUGACAAGACAUUGGACCACGUUCUUCUGUAAACUUGGUAGAGUUGCUGGAUCGAUUGCCUUCUGAGGAAUUGCGUUGAGGAAUGCACAUAGCUUCACAAUGGGUACUCGCACGUUUUCUGGCAGAAGCCCCCUCAAUGCAAUCGGAAGUAACUGGGUCAUGAUCACGUGGCAGUCAUGAGACUUUAGGUUUUGGAACUUUUUCUCUUCCAGGUUUAGUAUUCCUUUUAUGUUCGACGAGUAGCCAGACGGGACCUUGAUACUACUCAGGACUUGGAAAAAGAUCUCCUUCUCUUCCUUGGUAAGAGCGUAGCUGGCAGGACCUUUGAAAUUCUCUGGAUUCAUCAGGUCGUCUCGUUCGUGCAUACGUUGGUGGUGCAGCCAUGCUUUUGGUGUAUCUCUCGACUUCUUCCCAUGCACGCCCAAUAAGUUUAGCAGGUUCACGCAAAUAUUUUUCGUCACGUGCAUCACGUCGAUCGCAGAGCGAACCUCUAGGAAUUUCCAAUAUGGUAGUUCCCAGAAUAUAGAUUUCUUCUUCCACAUGGCUACGUGGUUGUCGGCGUCAUUCGGAACAGAUUGUGCGCCAGGACCCUUACCAAAGAUUACUUUUAUAUCUUUGACCAUGUCAUAUAUAUCAGUACCUUUAGGGAGGGUUGGCUUCCUCCGUGUAUCUGCCUCGCCUUUGAAAUGCUUUCCUUUCUUUCUUACGGGAUGCCUGUCUGGAAGAAAUCGACGAUGCCCUGGGUACACAUUCUUGCAUAUAUGUAUACUUUCAGUCUCGCCUAAACAGUGUGUGCAUGCGCUGUAUCCCUUGUUUGACUGUCCUGAGAUGUUACUAAGAGCGGGCCAAUCAUUGAUGGUUACAAACAACAACCCUCGUAGGUCAAAUUCCUCCUGUUUGUACUCGUCCCACACACGUACACCUUCGUCAGCCCACAACUCUAAAAGUUCAUCAACCAGUGGCCUCGGGUACACAUCAAUGUUGUUGCCGGGUUGCGACGGGCCUGGGAUAAGCACUGGUAUCAUAAUGAACUUACGCUUCAUGCAUAACCAAGGAGGAAGGUUAUAGAUACAUAGAGUCACGGGCCAGGUGCUAUGACUGCUACUCUGCUCCCCAAACGGAUUCAGGCCAUCUGUACUUAGACCAAACCUUAAGUUUCUUGGGUCACGUGCAAAGUCCUCGUACUUAUCGUCGAUGUUUCUCCACGGCGACCCAUCAGCGGGUUGUCUCAGCAUAUCAUCUUCCUUACGGUCUUCUUUGUGCCAUCGCAGCAACUUGACAUGCUCUUUGUUUCGGAACAAACGUUUCAACCGUGGUAUUAUAGGAGCAUGCCACAUCACCUUGGCAGGAACCCUCUUCCUGGGGCGAUCGUCGCCCACAACAUCACGAGGGUCAUCUCGCCUGACCUUAUACCGAAAUGCACCGCAUACCGGGCACGCAUUUAAAUUCUCGUCUUGACCGCGGUAGAGGAUGCAGUCAUUGAUGCAUGCAUGUAUCUUAUGCACUUCCAAUCCUAGAGGGCAGACAACCUUCUUUGCUUCGUACGUACUGCAGGGCAGCACGUUAUCUCUUGGAAGCAUCUUCUUCAUUAUUUUCAGCAGCUUUUCAAAUCCCUUGUCAGAUAUUCCAUUCUCUGCCUUCCAUUGCAGCAAUUCCAGGGUGGUGCCCAACUUUUUCUGGCCAUCUUCGCAAUUUGGGUACAACAAUUUUUUGUGAUCUUCUAACAUGCGCUCCAACUUCAACCUCUCGUUUUCACUUCCGCAGUUUAUCUGUUCUUCACGAAUGACCUGACGAAGAUCAUCAUCAGACUCAUCAACAAUGUCCUCAAGUUCAGGCUCGUCUUCCCCCAUUUCAGUAUCACCGUGUUCACCGAACAUAGGAUAGUUAUCAUUAUCCUCUUCUUCUUCAUUGUCUUCCAUUACAACCCCUCUUUCUCCGUGCUUGGUCCAACAAAAAUAACUGGGCAUGAAGCCUUCUUGCAACAGGUGGGUGUGUAUGGUUCUUGAGUUAGGGAAAUUCCUCUUAUUCUGGCAUUUUUUACAUGGACAAAAAAUAAAUCCAUUCUGCCUGUUUUUCUCAGCCACAUUGAGAAAACUAUGCAUGCCAUUAAGGAAUUCGGGACGACGUCGAUCACUGUACAUCCAUUGCCGGUUCAUCUGCAUUAUAUAAAUUUAUCAAAAACCAUUAUGCUAAAUCAUCAUGACUAAAUUAAUUAAUUAAUACNCAAAGUAGCGUAGUGACCAUACAUAUAUAGUUCUCAUAAAAAUACACACUGAAACCAACCAUAAAAACUCUCUCUAACUAAUGCAUUUAAAAACAACAACAAAUGCGAUCAAAAUCGCAACAAAGGUAACAAUUGACCCGACGGCCUAAUGAUACGAAGCCUCUUUACUAAUUGCAUAUUUUCUAAUCUUUCUAAUCUUCAGGCGCAUUGCGUCCAUCUCGCUCUUGUGACCAUCGACGACACCGGCAAGAACCUUUUCCAAGGUCAUCUUCUCUCUUUCAGUUUUUUCCAACCUUUCUUCAGUUUUUUUCAAUCUUUCUUUCAGGCCAACAUUUUCUUGUUCAACUAAGUGUAACUUCUCAACAAUAGGGUCGAUUGGCAUUUCCGGUUCCACUACCUCCUAGAUAAAAAUAUCUAUGUCAAGUUGGUCGGCGUAAUUAAUUGUCAUAUAAUCAGGAAAUGAAAAUAUGUAGUUAUAAAAGAUAAUAUACCACAUCCGAAUCAUAGACUGGACGAGGGCCAACGGGGACGGAUAUCAAAACCAUGGCGCUAUACAUAUAAAAAAAAUCUUACACAAUAAGAAAAUUAUAUACAAGUAAAUAUGUAAAUCAUACAAAUCAUAAUUUGUUUUGGUAAAUAAAAACACUAGGCUCACCAAGGUUGUGUCGGUGACGGGGCGAUCGACGGCGGUGAGGAAGGGGACAAGGCGCGCGACACUAAAAAAAACCAUAAAUCAUAAUUAAAUUUGAGCUCAAAUUGCAUAUGUAUACAUAACAAAUGAUGAACUCUCUCUAGCUUAGGCAUUUCAUCAAACACCUAGCUAGCACAACAAAAAUGAAAUGAGCAAGAAAACGAGCAAAACUUGCAAUGCCGGAAGAGGGAAUGUUGAUGUUAACCGUAGGACCGAUGGGUGCCAACAAUCUUGACAAAUGGUGGAGAAAAAUGGGGAUGGAUUAGAGCUCCCAAGAGGAAGGAGAGAGCAAAAAUGGAGUUGAGCUCGCGCUGGAAAAAAUGGAGCUGAGCUCGGAGUGGAAUAUAGGGGAGGGCUUUAGGACCGGUUUGUGUUAAAAACCGGUGCUAAAGGGUCUGACAACGGGGCCCCGCAGUUGCUGCAAAAAUGAGAAAAACUUUAGCACCAGUUUGUGAUACAAACCGGUUCUAAAGGGUCUGUCCACUGGGUCCCCGCCCUGCAGCAAACGGUCCAAAACCCUUUAGGACCGGUUUGUGUUACAAACCGGUCCUAAAGGCCUUGCGGCCAUUCGCUGCAGGGAGGGGGCCCAGCGGAUAGACCCUUUAGAACCGGUUUAUAUCCAAUCCGGGUCCAAUGUGGUUGGCUCAAUGCCCUGUUUUCUACUAGUGACGGUGGUGGUGGUACAACCUCAGCGAGGCUUUGCCAAGCGCCGCUACAAACGCGACGGGGGAGAAAAUUGAUCGAGAGAGAGAGGGAGCUCGCCGCCAAAGGCUUGGUGUGUGGAUUCCCCCCUCACUACAAGAAAUAUGCUCAUAUGUGAUGUUUUUUAAAAUGUCGUUGAUGAAUUCGUCAUAAAUCUAUGACGAUUUCAUCCGAGAUCGUCGUAAACCGUUUGAGGGGAUCAAAUCUACAUAUAAAUUACGACGAUGUGAGUCAAAACGUCGUAACCGCAUAAGAUGAGAUCGUCAUAACUUUUACGACGAUUGUAAAAAUGUCGUAACAUGUUCUAACUAUGUUGACAUGGCACUCGUGGGUCCAUUCUAUCCCACCUGAUCCUAGUUUGUGAAGCAACCUACUAUUCUAUCAUUCCGAAAAUUCUCGAAAAAUUCUCAUAAAUACUUUGGACUAUAUAUUUCUCAAAUAUGUGAAAACCCUCCCUUCCAUAGUUCAAAAAUAAUUCAAAAAUAUUCAUUUUCCUAUUUUGUUCAGAAUAGUACUUUGGUUUACGGAAGUGCUAUUUCUAUUUCUUUGAUUACCCUCAUAUUGUUUGGGCACUCUUUCCUAUCCAAAUCAUUGCCUCAUGAAAACUUUCGUAACGAUUUGCCUAGUAAAUCUUUCUCAACAAAUUUCCAAAGUUUGUGUUCAGCUAACAGCUUUGUGAAGGAAGUACUAGAUAGGAAUAUCCUAAUGAUUUGAAUUUUUCCACAUCAUCUAUGUGCCCAAAACGGAGCUCUCCAUAAAAUUUUAGCCACAUCUAACAAUUCAUGUGAGCUCAUCAUCCAAUCUUUGUUUUUGGUAAUAUUUUCAUUUUGUGAAGCAACUAUGUUUUAUAUUGCUUUAUAGUUGAUGAAAAAUUUACCACGGGAUGAUCCUGACCAUAUAACCUCACUGCACCAAAUUUUAGCUCAUUUAGUUCAGCCAGUUUCUCUCAAUAUUUUUCCCAAUAUUCCGUUCAGUAGAGAGCAUUGUGAAGGAAGUACAAUUUUUGUUUAUCCAAAUUUUAUGAACUUUUUACAGUACCUUAAUGUGCCCAAAUUAUCAUCCUCCUCCAAAUUUAAGCUCACUCCAAUUAUCUAUGUGAGCCCAGUUUUAAUUACCAUUUUCUGUCCAGAUUGGCACAUUGUGAAGGAAGUGUCACUUUGGCAUGUCCAAAUGGUAUAAUUUUUAUACAGUGCCUUCAUAUGCCCAAAUUAACAUCAUACACCAAAUUUCAGCUCAAUCCAUUCAUUCAUUUGAUCCUAGCUUCAACAUCCAUAUUUCUGCACAAUGUGUUACUUUGCAAAGCAAGUGCCACCUAGAUUCAUCCAUUUGAGAUAAAAAUUUGCCAAGAGAGUCUCCUUAGUAGAUGAUCAUCCUCAGCCAAAAUUUAGGCCCAUUGUCUAUGUGAAUUACCCGCACCGCUAAUCAAACACUUGGCUGCUAAUUCAUGUUUGUGCUUAGUUCAGUGUCCUCAUGAGAUUAUUCUAUUGUAUUAUUCUUGCUAACACCUAUCGAGGGAUUGUCCAACCCACCAGACAUGACUAUUCCACCUAGAACGCGUGGCAAUGCAACGGUUAGGCGGUGACCAUGCGACUGGCAUGCAAGUUCACGCACCCUGGAGUUGGGGCCCUCGACCACCAUGCAAAUCUCGACGUCAAGGCACCACACCAUGUAUUUCUGAUUAAAUAGAUACUUAUAUACCUACAAAUGAUUUUUGGGAAAAAUAAAGAGCAAACUAUAAUGCAGCUGCAGUUCAAAUUUGACCCGCUUCCAUCUGAAUCGACAUAAAUUUGUCUUUUUCACGAGAGGUGGGUAACAUCUUUUAACACCCAACCAUUUUGUCAAUUGUACAUUAAAUAUGGACUAGUAUUUUAUAAAAAUGAUUUGGUCCAAUUUUAAAACAAAUAUAUGGUAGGUCCUUCACAAAACAACUCAUUUUGAUCACUUGAAAAAUGGAAAAUGAAUUUUUCAUACAAGGAAAAUGAAAACUUCCUUAAUCAACAUUGUUUGCCAUUCCGAUAUGCACCCUUGUGCAUAAUAUUAUAUCAUUUCAACAAACUAUGUCAUGAAUAUGGCUAUAAGAUUGAUCAUUUGGCUUGAAAGUCAUGAAUCUUCACACAUGAUAGCUCAUUUCUAAGAACACUUGUUUAAAAUAAUUGUCGUAUUAUAAGUUUAUUAUUUUUCCUGGUAACUUUGUCACAUAUAAUGACACAAUGCAAUGGUUUUCCAUUUUUUUGAAUUUGUUUUGAAUUUUCCAUGGCCAUUUCAAAACGCGGUCAAAAUAGCGGGUAUGACCGUUCAUACCUAGUGGUUGAAUCUUGGAAAUGUUUUGAUGUUUCUAUGAUUAAAUAGAUACUUGUGUACCUAUAAAUUGUUUUUAGCAAAAAUAUAGAGCAAACUAUAAUGUCGAUGCAGUUUAAAUUUGACCCGCUUUCAGCUGAUUCAACGAAAUUUUUUCUUUUUUAGGAGAGAUCGAUAAAAGCCUUUAACACCCAACCAUUUUGUCAAUUAUACAUUAAAUAUGGCCUAGUAUUUUAGAAAAUUGAUUUGUUCCAAUUUUGAAACAAAUAUAUGGUAGGUCCUUCACAAAAAAGUUCAUUUUGGACACUUGAAAAAUGGAAAAUGAUUUUUACAUACGAGGAAAAUGAAAACUUCCUUAAUCAAUAUUGUUUGUCAUUCCAAUAUGCAUCCUUGUGCAUAAUAUUAUAUCAUUUCAACAAACUAUGUCAUUAAUGUGGCCAUAGGAUUGAUAAUUUGGCUUGAAAGCCAUGGAUCUUCACACAUGAUAGCUCAUUUUUAAGAAAACUUUUUUAAAAUAAUUGUCAUAUUACAAGUUUAUUAUUUUUCCUGGCAACUCUGUCACAUAUAAUGACACAAUGCAAAGGUUUUCCAUUUUUUUAAUUUUUUCAUGGCCAUUUCAAAAUGCGGUCAAAACAGCGGGUAUGACCGUUCCUACCUAGUGGUUGAAUCUUGAAUUUUUUUUAAUGUUUCUCUGAUUAAGUAGAUACUUUUGCAAAAUUUGUAUGGUGCACUUUGGCAAAAUGUUUUUGAUAGAUGCUUCAUAAAAUUCCUCUAUUUUUAGUACUUGAAAAUUAUUUUAAAUCAUUGAUUUUUUGAAGGGAAAUUUGAAGAUUUGCCACAAGUUUGUUUACACUUUGAGGAUUUACCCCUGUUUUUCUUGUUACUAAUAAUUAGCCACACCUUUCUGAGAGUCUUAAUGAUUUGCCCCUUAUGAACGACAUGGAAAUAUAACACAAAAUCAGUGACCAAACUGCCCGAGCCCAAAUUAGCUAGCUUCAUGUUUGACCGUUCCCGUUUCUCUGUUCGUUCGUAUCCUGGCUGCUCGUCAUGGCUCGCAGCAGUGUCUCUCGUUGCUGUGGCUCGUGAACCCGCCUUGUUGUGCUGACCACUCCACUCCAGACCAAGAAGGCCGAGGUCGACGGCCAAAAUAGGUAAGCCACCGUGGUUGAUUCAUGUGCCAGGCGCAAGCAUCCGUCUUCGUCAACCGACGGCGUGCUCACUUAGUCGGGUUGGUGCCUGGUGGUCUUCACGUCGCCGACCCACUAGACCGCCUUGCCAAGUGGACAGACGAUGACGAUCACCCCUGUUCUUGGCUGGGCGUCAACUGUGACACGUGCACGGGCUGCAUGACCUCACUCUCGCUGCUCGCCACGUUGCUCCCUGGCCGCCUCCUCCCCUGCAACAACCUGUUAGGAUCGGCUAUAUCCCCUGCCUCCGCUCUCGUCCUCACAUCUUGACUUGUCUAAACGACAACGAGCGAGCACGCGGAGACGCAUCCGUCUGCUUCUCUUUUGGAAGAGACGAGGAUGACCUUGGGUACCAUGACGAGCUUUUUAGACAUAUUCCAGUGGGUCCCUACCUCCGGGGGCAAAUCAUCACCAAACUGAAAAAGAUAUCGCGAAUAAUCGAUGACAAGGAAAACGAAGGCAAGUCCUCAAAGUGCAAACAAACAUGUGGCAAAUCCUUAAAUUCCCUUUUUUGAACCAAUGAGAAAUCUUUCCACAGAUCGAUGACAUGGCGUCCAUCCAUCCAUCCAUCUACAGAAAAAAAAACCACCCGGAGCCCAAACCCUAGCUCACACCCCCAUCGCACCUUCCUCCCAGAUCCGGCGCCGCCGCACGUUCUCCUCUCCUCCUCCUCCCAGAUCCGGAGCCUCUCCAAGCCGCCCGCGCUCGCCGACGCGGCCGCCUCACCGUGCUCUCUCCGUCCCCACCCACCCGCCUCCCAAUCCCGAUCUCUCUCGCCCCGCUCAUGCAUGAGAGGUCGUCGGGGCCAUCGCUAGUCGCCGCCACGCGCCUCCGCUCCGCCUCCCUGGUCCUGCUGCUCCUGGCGCUGUCCCUGCUCGCCGGGUGGGCACGCUUCUGGGAUACAUGACGACCUCACGGAGGAUAAGAAGAGCCAGCCAACCAAUGAAACGCGAGGAACCUCCUCCACGCGGACCACCCCACCAGAAGCGAUCUGAGCCAUCCAUCACGCGCCCAUCCGACAGUGUAGCAUCUCCCGAAAAACCAAACCCUAACUAUGUGAUCGAGACACCCCACCCCUCACACACAGCCACACACUUCCUCCCUCGUCCCCAUCUCUCUCCCGCACGAACCCCUCUUGCCGCCGCCAUCACCAACGGCGCCCUGAUCCAGGCGACCUCCGGUGAGGAUAGACGGUGCCAAGCACACAACAUGGAUCCCCUUGCUCUGCUCCUCCCCUAUCCCGUGCUUCUUCCCACCCGCGCGCCCGUGCCAAACCCUACCGCGCGUGUGAUCCCGCGUCCGCCCCGAUCUGCGAGAUGUGGCGCGACUGAGCACACACACACAGUGACGCGCAGGGGAAGAGGAGGUUUCCCCCGAUCCGGCGCACGACAGGGAGCCCGCCGCCUGACACGGCGGGGCGAGGGCCCCCUCCGACGCGGGGCGGACCUUCCUGCAUNUGCGGUUCAGGGGCGCGGUGCAGGAAGAACUGCAUGAUGGUGGCACCUUCCACCAUGGUCGCCGAAUUACUGAUUGGGAUCAAGCACUGGUAACCUCUUCACACAACUUUCCCGUAGCAUUUCCAGCACUGAGAGUGCGACCUUUUUUCUGAACAGUACCUUUAGCCGCAUCUUUUCUAAAUACUGUAUACUGGUAGCCGGCGCGAUGUGGGAGACAAUCCACCCCAUCUAAUUCCUUUCCCGUAGUCGGAUGCCCCGUCACAACCCACAAUGCCUUUGUCCUAGCACAAUAACUUAUGGGCAACAAGCGUGCGACAUAGGUGACUGGAAAAUAGAAGGCAUUGCAGGCCAUACCACAAGCAUACGUACGUACACGCUAGCUAAAAAAUGUUUUUGGUGGUAUCUAUCUUCUUACAUUUGCUUAACGUCUACGGGGAAGCUUCUUAGUCUAGUGCAGUAUUUAAUUUGGUGGUGCUAAUGUGGAUUAUGAUAUGACAUCUUCUCCAACUGGGUAUAGGUGGAAAAAAAGCACCUAUGCUUAUCUGAAUGAGCCGGCAGUGACCGCAUCGGUGGAUAUAUUCCAUUUCUUGCAGAACUCUUCAAGGUACAUAUACUGCAAUUCUCUGGAGUCUUAUGCUAUUGUCCAUAACGCCUUCGCCCGGUUCAUCCUUGAUUGGCUCUGAUUCUUCUCGGUCGGCGUCUCGCAGAUGUGGCAGCUCAAGGGCGAGGUUGGCGCCAUCUCCAGGGCCGACGGCUCGGCGCUCUUCGAGAUGGGCAACACCAGGGUCAUCGCCGCCGUUUACGGGCCCCGAGAGGUGCGUCCAUGUCCCUCCUGUAAAAUUCAGUGUAAAGAUGAGCCCAAUGUUAGGCUAACAAGGGCCUGAGUCAAGCCGGUCAUAUGCUGAAAUAGAUUAGGGAUGGUGGUUUAUUUGUUGGCCCAUAACUCAUAUCGAUCGAACUGGUGUGGUGGUUAAUGUAGAAAUAACACCGCGAAAAUAGUUUCCAGCAAUGCUGCAUCGUUGUACUCUCCUCUUUCCUGUUAAUGUUUUCUUUUCAAAAAAUAAAUCCUUUUAAUGUUGUUGUACCCAUCCCCAAACGCCAACUAUGCUAUUUGCACAUCUUGUAGGUUGAGUUCCUCCGUAGAUUAGCGCUUUACAAAUCAGCAUCUCAUACUAGCUAGGAGGCCACUGAUUGCACCUUCUUUUAAAAUGUUUUAAUGUCCAAUGAACUUGCAGGCCUUUGUUAUUUUGUCAUCUGCUAGUUGUUGGUAGGCUGAAUAUGUUGUCCGUGAUGUGUUCUGUUACCUCUGUCGAUCUGUUCAUCAAGCAUAAAUGUUUAUUUUCUGAACUGAUAAGUCCUUGCCAAACACUAAUGAUCUAAUCAUGUUUUGAUUGCAGCGAACAGACGGUCUGCCGUAGCUUGGUCCUUGAAGGCGGGUCUAUGGGACUCUCUCAAAUCUGGGUAAAGUACAUUAUGUACCCUUUUAAAAUUUUGUGUGAUGUUCAUGUUUAAAAAAUAUCUACAUAUUAGAACAUCUAUGUACUAUUGUUAAAGAAACACUAUUUCCAGAGCUUCCCACCUUGAUGAAAAAGGUUAAACCAUUAAACAAAUUCGAGUUUCCCCCAUUAUCUUGGCUAGGACAAAAGUUUUCUUGGAUCAAUUAUUCGGUGUGCGAUUCAUUUCUGUAUGUUACUAAGAUGGACAGGAGAACGAUUCAGAUAUUUGCGAAUCAUAGGCUUUAUUUCGUGCAAAUUGGUUUCAGCCAGCGGUUAGGCAUUGGGCAUUUUGUUUCGCUCACCCUAUCAACUGUGAUUUAGGAUUAUGAUGAUUAUUGAUGUAGCCAACAUAAAAUCCUGCCUGCACAUUUUGAAGCACGACUCCUGUGAUGAUUUAUACGCACUCUGUUUGUGUUUUAUCUUGAAAUUUAAGCUUACUAUACCCUGAGUAUAAGAUGUUACAGUGUUGGUACCUUCACUUAUGUCUCAAUUAGUGGUAGUUUAAUGUCUACUGCACUAAACACCCAGCUAGUCUUUUUUCUACCAGUAUGUUGCAGCCACCAGCAUUCUUGUAGUUGUUGCUGAGUUAAGUUUGGUUCACAUGAUUGCAUUCUACGCUUUGAUAUAUUGUUCCUCAUGGUUGUUACUGUUAUCCAUGGCCUCAUGCUUCAGGAUUGACUCUUAACUGCUUGAGCUCUUUAGUCCUUCCAAAACAAGGUCUUGAUGUCCCUCUUACGGAAAAAUGUUCAUAUCGGUUCCUGCAUGAUGCGUGUAUGUACGUUGGAUGGUCACGUUCUAGUUUACUAGCUAGCUAGUAAGCAUUGUUUGGUUAGUGCUCUCCUGCUUGGUUGGCUAAACAUAUUCGUUUGUUUGAUUUGGCUUCACAGUUACAUAUUUUGAUUUGAACUUAGUCUAUGUUUAUGCCUAGUUUCUCUUAAUUAUCUUAAAUGGUGUGGUACCGUGUCUAUGCGCGCACAACUUCCUCUCACAAAAAAAAACUAAGUGCAUGUCUCUCUCACUUUUGUUCGCAUUUCUUUUAACAUCAUCUUGAGGAUGAAUACAAAUCUUUUUAUUUCUAAUAUUUUUAUAUUUAUUUCGUUUUGAUUGAUUCAUGUGCAGUGUAAUGUUCUUGUAGGAUGACAAGUUGUCGCAUCUCGAGCAUGUCUCAUAGGAGAGUAGAAUGAAGUCCAUUGUAUUGUUGGGAUAGUAGCAGAUGUGCCAUUGUUCUGUUGUGCAAUUUUGUCCGUUCUUGCUAUAUUCUUGUGUAAGGAAAUGUAUUCACGAGAUGAGUUAUUGUGUUAUGUAAACCUGGGAGAUGUAUUAUGUGAUGUUAUAUGAUGGAUGGUUUUAAUUCGACUUGGAGUUUUCUUGAUUUGAAUAUUAAAUAGUGUUGGAUUUAAUAUUGGACAAAUAAUUGGGUUGAAAAGGCCCAACAAAUAGAAAUGAAACCAAGUUCUGAAACAAAAAGUUGCUGAAUUCAAAAAUAAAAAAGGCCAAAACUAAAACUCGACCCAAUGUAUUUGGGAACUAAAAGGGCCAGGGCCCAAAUUAUAGUGAUACAAAAAAAUUCAUAAAAAACUAGAAGUGGUUGUAAAUAGCCCCAAUAAGAAAAAGCCCCAAAAAAAUAAAACCAGCCCAUAUGCUCAAUUGAAAUGGGUUGGGCUGAUUUCAACCAUGACGUUUUGAUUUCAUCGUAAUUUUGCCACGUAGGACUGGGUUAGAUUGGCAACGACGAUUUAGGAUCAUCGUAAAGGUUACGACGAUCCAGAAAUUCUCGUAAAAGUUACGACGAUUUCGAUCAAAACAUCGCUGUUGUUCAUUUCUGACGCUCCGUUUUCGACGCUUGGUUUUUCGUCGUGAGAUCGUCGUAAAUUAAAAACCAUGACGAUGUAGCGACGAAAAAAUAGCGUCGUGUAUUAGCAUAUUCCUUGUAGUGGAUCUCUGAUACGUCUCCAUCGUAUCUACUUUUCCAAACUCUUUUGCCCUUGUUUUGGACUCUAAUUUGCAUGAUUUGAAUGGAACUAACCUGGACUAACGCUGUUUUGAGCAGAAUUGCCUUGGUGUUAUUUUCAUGCAGAAAUCAAAGUUCUCCAAACGUCCUAAAAAUUUACGGGGAGCAGUUUUGGAAAAUAUCAAAAAUAUCUGCGCCAAGUAGGGGGUGGGCCAGUGGGCCACAAGCCCUCGCUCCGCCACCACCCCCCUGGUGGCGGUGGGGAGGCUUGUGGGGCCCACACGGCUCUGCCGCCCCCAAUUCCAGCUCUAUAAGAUCCCUUUCGUCCCAGAAAAUAAAAGAGAAGUUGUCGUCUCGUUUUCGAUACGGAGGCGCCAUCACCACCUGUUCUUCAUCUGGAGGGCAGAUCUGGAGUCCGUCUUGGGCUCCGGAGAGGGGAAAUCGUCGCCAUCGUCAUCAUCAACCUUCUUCCCACUCCAAUUCCAUGAAGCUCUUCGUCGUUCAUGAGUAGACUAUUCAUAGGCUCGCUGGGCGGUGAUGAGUAGGAUGAGAUCUAUCAUGUAAUCGAGUUAGUUUUGAUCGGGAUUGAUCCCUAGUAUCCACUAUGUUCUGAGAUUGAUGUUGCUACUACUUUGCCAUGCUUAAUGCUUGUCACUAGGGCCCGAGUGCCAUGAUUUCAUAUAUGAAAUUAUUAUGUUGUCACCAAUAUAUGUGCGUUUUAGAUCUGAUCUUGCAAGUUGUAGUUACCUACUAUGUGUUAUGAUCCGGCAACCCCGGAGUGACAAUAACCGGAACUACUCCUGGUGAUGACCAUAGUUUGAGGAGUUCAUGUGUUCACCAAGUGCUAAUGGGUUGGUCCAGUUCUUUAUUAAAAGGAGAACCUUAGUAUCCCGUAGUUUCCUUUUGGACCCUGCUGCCGCGGGAGGGAUGGACAAUAGAUGUCAUGCAAGUUCUUUUCCCUAAGCACGUAUGACGACACACGGAAUGCAUGCCUACAUCACAUUGACGAACGGGAGCUAGCUACAUAUCUCUCCGUGUUAUAGCUGUUGCAUGAUGAAUAUCAUCCAAACAAAUCACCGACCCAUUGCCUAUGAGUUUGUCCUACUGCUGCUACUACUGUUGCUACUACUACUUGUACUACUGUUGCUACUGCUGUUACUUGUCUUGCUCUGCUAUUGCUACUAUUGUUGCUACUGCUGUUACUUGUCUUGCUCUGCUGCUGCUACUACUAUUGCUACUGAUAUUACUUGUCUUGCUGUGCUACUACUGUUGCUACUACUGUCGCUUGCUACUGUUGCUACUUGCUACUGCUGUCACUACUGAUUUUACUUGCCGCUGCUAUUGCUCGUUACUUUGCCGUUACUCGCUACUUUGCUGUUACUACUUUGCUUGCAGAUACUAAUCUUUCAGGUGUGGUUGAAUUUGACAUAUUCAGCUGCUAAUACUUGAGAGUAUUCUCUCACCUCUCGUCGUGCGAACCAACAAAUUUGUGUUGAAUACUCUACCCUCGAAAACUGCUGCGAACCCACACGCAGGUGGGCCGUCAACAACAUUCUUCUAGUUUCAUUGCUGGGGAGUGCUAGUAGCAUUCUUCUGGUGCCGUUGCAGGGGAAGGCUUGUUGUCAUCAGCAUUCGUCUAGCCAUCGCCAGAGAUUGCAAUCAGCAUUUUUCUGGCGGCGUUGCCAGGGGGGUAUUGCUAUAUUCUCUAAGUUACUUGGGAUUUAUAUCUGUUGAUAACUAUGAAGAAUCUGAAGGAUCCGAAGACCAAAGUUUUGCCCUCAACUACGAGGGGAGGUAAGGAAUUGCCAUCUAGCUCUGCACUUGAUUCACCUUCAGUUAUGAGUAAGUUUGCGACAUCACCUCCUGCUAGAAAUCUUGAUAUGUCGCCUGUGAUUGAUGAUGCUUGUGAUACUACUGCUAGAGAUGCUAUGCUUGAUACUAUGCCUGAUGAUAUGCCUGAUACUGCUAGAGAUGCCAUGCUUGAUACUAUGCCUGAUGAUACUAUGCUAGAGAUACUACUUUGCCUGAUACUAUGCUAGAGAUGCUAUGCUUGAUACUAUGCUAGAGAUGCUAUGCUUGAUACUAUGCUAGAGAUACUACUUUGCCUGAUGUUCCACUAGGGGUAUUCCUUGAUGCUCAUAUUGCUAGAGUUACUGCCGAUGCCCGUGAUGCUUCUGAAACUGCCGAUACUAUUGAGAUAGAACCUGCUUUUGCUCCUGAUAGAUCUAGCCCUCCUAGAUAUGAAUUGCCUGAUAUACCUGAGGGGUACGUUAUGGAGGGAGAGAUAGCUGAGGAUUUUCUUGCGUGUAAGGAUGCGUAUGACGCUGAGAAAUUACUUCUCAAGUGGAAGGAAAAAUCUCGGGAAGCUAGGAAGAAAAAUGACCCAAAGUUUGCCACUUCGCCUAUCUUUGUCACCGAUAAGGAUUAUGAAUUCUCUGUCGACCCUGAGAUAAUCUCUCUGGUCGAAUCUGAUCCUUUUCACGGUUAUGAGUCUGAGACUGUCAUAGCCCAUCUUGCAAAACUAUCCGAAAUAGCCAACCUUUUCACUAAUGAGGAGAAGAUCCGCCACUACUAUAUCCUUAAGUUAUUUCAUUUCUCUCUAAAGGAUGACGCUAAAGCCUGGUUCACCUCUCAUGCUCCUGGAUGUGUGCGUAGUCCCCAGGAGAUGGUCUAUUACUUCUGUGAGAAAUAUUUCCCUGCCCAUAAGAAGCAAGCUGCCUUGCAGGAAAUAUACAACUUUGCUCAACUCCAAGAAGAGAGUCUUCCACAAGCUUGGGGGAGGCUCGUCCAACUACAAAAUGCUUUGCCUGAUCGCCCUCUUAAGAAGAACGAGAUACUUGAUAUCCUCUAUAAUGGACUUACCGAUGCCUCUAGAGACCACCUAGAUAAUUGUGCCGAUUGUGUUUGUAGGGAACAAACUAUAGAACAAGCUGAGACCCUACUAAAUAACCUCUUGAUCAAUGAUAAUGCUUGGACUAUUCCCGAACCACCUCCGACGCCAACUCCUAAGAAAAGAGGUAUUCUAUUCCUCAGUCCCGAAGAUAUGCAAGAAGCCAAGAAAUCUAUGCAAGAGAAAGGCAUUAGAUCUGAAGAUGUCAAAAAUCUACCACCUAUUGAAGAGAUCCAUGGUCUCGAUAACCUAUAGGUAGUGAGCCUUUGAUGAGAGUGAUAUUCCUGCGUAGGUUUGAUGAGAGUGAUAUUCCUUUUGAUAAACCUGCUAGCCUAUGCUUUGAUGAAUUUGACAACUUUGUUGCCAAACAACAGAGUUUCAAUGCUUAUGUUAGCAGACAUUUGGAACAAAGUACUCGUAUGCUUAGCCAUUUAAGUGCUUGUGUAGACAGAAAUGUCAAUGAUCUGAAGCUUCUGAGUAAACAUGCCUCUAUGAUUACUACUCAAGUAGAACAAGUACUCAAAGCUCAGAAUGACCUGCUCGAUGAAUUAAAUGACAACUCUGUCAGAGUCAUUACUAGAGGAGGCAAAAUGACUCAGGAACCUUUGUAUCCUGAAGGUCAUCUUAAGAGAAUUGAUCAAGAUUCUCAAGGAAUCAAUGCUGAUACACCUAGUCAUCCUAAGGAGAAGAAGAAGGAUGAUAGAAACCUACACGCCAGUUCACCAAAUACCGUCACACCUGAAGAACCUAAUGAUAUUUAUGCGUCUGAUGCAGAAACACAAUCUGGUGAUGAACAUGAACCUGGUGACAAUAUGGACAGCGAUGUUCAUAAUAAUGCUCAACCUAGCAAUGAUGAGGAUGUGGAGAUUGAACCUACGGUUAAUCCUAAUAACCCACAACCUAAGAAAUACGAUAAGAAUGACUUCAAUGCUAGGAAGCAUGGUAAAGAAAGAGAGCCAUGGGUUCAGAGACCUAUGUCAUUUCCUCCUAAGCCAUCCAAGAAAAAGGAUGAUGAGGAUUUUGAGCGCUUCGUUGAGAUGAUAAGACCCGUAUUUCUGCAGAUGCGGUUAACUGAUAUACUCGUCUCUGUAUGCCAAGUACAUGAAAGAUAUCGUGACUAAUAAACGGAAGAUACCAGAUCUUGAGAUCUCCACCAUGCUUGCCAAUUACACUUUUAAAGGUGGAACUCCUAAGAAACUUUGUGAUCCCGGAGUGCCCACUACACCUUGCUCCAUUAAAGGAAACUACGUAAGAACUGCCUUAUGUGACCUUGGAGCCGGUGUUAGUGUUAUGCCGCUCUCUUUUUAUCAUAGACUUGAGUUGGAUAAGUUGACACCCACUGAAAUUUCUCUGCAAAUGGCCGACAAAUCAACUGCUUUCCCUAUCGGCGUUUGCGAGGAUGUGCCUGUUGUGGUUGCUAAUACCACUAUCUUAACAAACUUUGUUAUCUUGGAUAUUCCCAAGGACAAUGACAUGGCUAUCAUCCUCGGAAGACCCUUUUUAAACACUACAGGGACUGUUAUAGAUUGCAACAAGGGCAAUGUCACUUUCCACGUCAACGGUAAUGAGCACACCGUGCACUUUCCGAAGAAACGAUAUCCAGUACAUUGCAUCAAUGCUAUCGAAAAGACUUCAUCGAUUCUCAUUGGGAGCUUUGAAUGCCCUAUUCCUCGUGUCAAGAUGAAGUAUGAUUUGCUUGUUGGGGAGAUACAUAUACCCAUUGAGGUGACUUAGUGGCUAUUCAAAAAUUCUCCGUUCUCUCUUGCGAUUCCAGAAGGUUCUAUCAUAAGGACUUGAUCAAUCCCAUUGACGGAUUUCUUUCGAUGACCAUGAAACGGAUGAAUCAAGGAGUCACAUACCUCUGUUUUAAGUUUUCCUUUUCUUUUGCUUAAAAGAAAAAUGAUAGAAUUAGUUUAGUUUUUCCUGUUUUUCGUUUUAGCGGCCCAGAGAAAAAUACCUCGAAAAUAAAAAUUCUCCGAUGGUCCUGAAAAUUUAGUAUGAUUUUUUCUAGAAUUUUUGAAAAUUUCUGGGCCUGAGAGCUGGCCUGGGGUCCUGACCAGUGGGCCACAAGCCCUUCCACCCCCACCUACCCCCCUGGUGGCGGGGUGCAAGCUUGUGGGGCCCACACGCACCCCCUCCACUCAUUCCAGCUCCCAGCCUCUUCUUCCACCCCAAGAAAAAAUUGUUUCGCAGCUCAAACUCGUGUUCUUCCUCAUUUGGCUGUGAUUUUCGAUCUCCUUGCUUAAAGCACCAUUCUCCGAACCGCUUUGGGGAAAUUACUCCUUGGUAAGUGACUCCUCCAUUUGUCCAAUUAGUUUUUGCUCUAGUGCUUUAUCCUUCGCGUAUUCUUCCUACCUUGGUGACCCUGUUCUUGAGCUAGAAAUGUUGAUUUUAGUUGGUCCCAUGUAGUUUUAGCGCGUGAUAUGGUCUCUAGGCACUAGUAGGAGUAGUUGCUACAAGUUGGGUUAAUCUUCAUUCACUUUUCUUUCAAAGUCUCUAAAAAUUUCAGAAUUUUUCAGAGCUAGAAAAAGGAAAAGAUGAGGAGGUUCUUGAGAGGCUCUUCAAGCCGUAACCCCAAGGAGGAUGAGAAGAAUCACCCCAAGUACGUAGUCCCUCAGGUCACAGAAGUUCGAGCGUGCGAGUGGCCAAGUGAUGAAUUUUUGCGCGUCGUCGGACUUUAUGAAGACUUUUAUUACUUGGUGGAGAACACAGGUCUUACUGCGUUUGUUGAAGAUAAGUGCCCACAAUACCUCCUCCUCACCAAUAUUUUCGUUCAAAGCUUCAACUUUUAUCCGAGGAAGAAUCCUCCCAUGGUUGAGUUCAUGAUAUACGAUGUCCCGAGUGCAUGACGCUGCAGGAUUUUUGCAAUGUAUGCAAAUUACCUUAUGUUGGGGAUAUCCAUGAUCCUCGUCCACGGGACUUGGAGGAUUUCAUUGGUUCUAUUGCUCUUGGAGAGGAGAGAGGAGUGUCUCGCGCUAGAAUUGCUAGCAUACAUUUUCCUGUGCUUCGGUACUUCUCACUAUUUGUGGGAAAAUGUUUGAUUGGCCGUGGGGAGGCUGGAUCACAUAGUUCUCCAGACCUUGUGGUUCUGCGCGAAGGCCUUUAUAACGAUAAGACUUAUAGCUUGGGCGCUAUAGUAGCUCAACGGUUGAACCUGAACCGUUCUAAAGGAGUCGUCUAUGGAGGUAUCUAUGCUACCCGUCUUGCCAGACACUUUGAGAUACCCAUUAGACUGGGAGAGGAAGGAGAGAUGCUUCUCCCUGAGAGGUAUCUGGAUUAUGACAGCAUGGUUCGCCAUGAUUUUCUGGAUAGAGAUGCUAGUAGAUGGAUGAUUUUCAACCUGGUGUUUAGUCAAGGUACUCGAGAGACUAUUACUUAGCCUGCUCCUUCUUUGUUCGAUCUUCAUGCAGGGAGGUACACUAUUAUGCCCGCGGACAUCUACGCAUAUUGGGGCUUGGCCCAACCACAGGCGCCCCUGCCCGAGCCGCCAGUGGAGUACCAGACGCCAGUUUAUCAGUGGGAGCCAGAGGAGCUCACACAGCAGUGGCAUCCACAGUCUUCUCCGGAGUAUCCUGGAGCUGGUUAUUUCCCACCUUGGGAGUAGACCAAGCUAGGCCAAAAUCCUAAGCUUGGGGGAGUACGUGUUCUCACCGACUUUACAUUCAUGGUUAUGCUUUCACUUUGUUAGCUGAUGUUUACACUUUUCCACUGUAUUAUCCAUGCUAGUUUCUUUUUGUUUUCUUGUUUUCUUGUUUUGUGUCCUUUUGAGAAAACCCAAAAAGAUUUUUCUCUCUUCUUUUGCUUGUUGGGAGCUUUCCCGUGUAAAUAGUUUUCUUUUUCUUUGUGUCAAGGUAGAAUAUAUUGGUUACAAUGUUUAUUUGUUCAUGCAUGCUUACCUGUUUAGCUUUCAAAGAGCCAUAUUAUUUUGUCAUCUCCUUUGUGUUUGCCUGCAGAUUCAGCUUAGUCCAAUGCGCUUAUUAUCGUUCUCAUCGUUCGAUCGUGCAAAUGAAAGGCAACAAUGAUGAUAUAUGAUGAAGUGACUGAGACUGAAAAGCUGGUAUGAACUCUAUCUAUUUUGUUUUUGUAAAUAUGACUAGCUUAUCGACCUAGAUUCAACUUUGUUGUGAGAGAACCAUGUUUGCAAUGACAACUUAGAGAUCAUAGUUUCUGAUGCCAUGCUUAUUUAGCUGAGAGCUUAUAAUGGUUUGUCUUGAAUGCCAACAUAGAUUUUGAGAUGACUAUGAUGUAGUAUGAUAGGAUGGUAUUCUCCUUUGAAUGUUUCAAGUGGCUUGACUUGGCGCAUGUUCAUGCAUGUAGUUGAAACAUAAUCAACAUAGCCUCUAUGAUGUUCGUGUUCAUGGUGAUUUAUAUCCUGUUCAUGCUUGCAUUCAAUGUUAGUCAAACUCAUUGCAUCUUGAUAACUGUUGCCUUUUGCUACCCAUCACUUGUACCAAGCGGAAUACUGCUUAUGCAUCCACUUACAUAAAACCAAAAGUUUUUCCAUGAGAGUCCACCAUACCUACCUAUUUGCGGUAUCUACCUGCCGUUCCAAGUAAAUUUGCAUGUGUCAUUCUCUAAACCUUCAAGAAAUAAUUUGUUUUGCAUGCCCAAACUGCUCAUGUGGUGAGAGAGGUCUAUUGGUAUCUUCCAUGCUAGGAGUGUUAUCCUCGACAUGUGUUUAUUCACAGUCAUUCACGAGAAAUGGGCCGGUAAUUGGAAUGCCCAGUUCCACGCUUAAAUCGAAAACAUAACUGUAAAACAAGACUCCCCCCGGAUUGAUGUUAGUAUGGACGGUACCCGAGGAUUCGGCUAGCCGUGGAGUGUGAUUGAUUGGUGGUGGGGGAGUUAAAACUUUACUUUUCUGUUUGGGAACCGCCUAUAGCAUGAGUAGCAUGGAAGAUAUUGAGAACUCUUGGUCAUUGCGCUGACAAUGAAAGCAUGCCACCCAAAAUUAUUAUCUCUGUUUUCAAAGCUUCAGCUCUGGCACCUCUGCAAAUCAAUGCUUCCCUCUGCAAAGGGUCUGUCUAUUUAUUUUCCCGUCGAGUCAUCCUCAUCUUAUAUAAGCACCAAUUAGAGAGCACCUCUGUCAUUUUUAUGCUUUGCUUUUGAUUGAUAUUGAGUAUGACUAUGACUGGAUCUUCGUUGCUAUGAGUUACAAUGUUUAGUCAGCCCUUGAUCUUUGAAAGUGCUCUGCAUUUAUGUUUUGCGGUCUCAGAAAGAGCUAGCGAGAUACCACCUAUUCAUAUUGCUUCAUGCUCGUUUUGAUUGAAGUGUUGGUAUUUGUAACUCAUUAUUAUUUGCUCGUUAGCUCAUUAUGCCAUUGAUAUUAGUUUACCGUGAGACCUUUGUGUCAUUUGCUUAUGUGGUUAACUUGUGAUCUUGCUGUAAUUCUGGUUAUGAGUUAGACAUAGUUGCAACAACAAGAUCAAACAGAGUUUGUCAAAGUUUUUCUUUCUCUCUCAGUUUGUCAACUGAGGUGCUUGAGGACAAGCAAGGUUUUAAGCUUGGGGGAGUUGAUACGUCUCCAUCAUAUCUACUUUUCCAAACUCUUUUGCCCUUGUUUUGGACUCUAAUUUGCAUGAUUUGAAUGGAACUAACCUGGACUAACGUUGUUUUCAGCAGAAUUGCCUUGGUGUUAUUUUUGUGCAGAAACCAAAGUUCUCCAAACGUCCUGAAAAUUUACGGGGAGCAGUUUUGGAAAAUAUCAAAAAUAUCUGCGUGAAGUUCCACCUCAGGCGGUGGGCCAGUGGGCCACAAGCCCUGGCUCCACCACCACUCCUCCUGGUGGCGGUGGGCAGGCUUGUGGGGCCCACGCGGCUCUGUUGCCCCCAACUCCAGCUCUAAGAUCCCUUUCGUCCCAGAAAAAAAAAGAGAAGUUUUCGUCGCGUUUUCGAUACGGAGGCGCCGCCACCACCUGUUCUUCAUUUGGAAGGAAGAUCUGGAGUCCGUCUUGGGCUCCGGAGAGGGGAAAUCGUCGCCAUCGUCAUCAUCAACCUUCUUCCCUCUCCAAUUCCAUGAAGCUCUUCGUCGUUCGUGAGUAAUCUAUUCGUAGGCUCGCUGGGCGAUGAUGAGUAGGAUGAGAUCUAUCAUGUAAUCGAGUUAGUUUUGAUGGGGAUUGAUCCCUAGUAUCCACUAUGUUCUGAGAUUGAUGUUGCUACUACUUUGCCAUGCUUAAUGCUUGUCACUAGGGCCCGAGUGCCAUGAUUUCAGAUCUGAAAUUGUUAUAUUGUCACCAAUAUAUGUGUGUUUUAGAUCCGAUCUUGCAAGUUGUAGUUACCUACUAUGUGUUAUGAUCCAGCAACCCUGGAGUGACAAUAACCGGAACCACUCCCAGUGAUGACCAUAGUUUGAGGAGUUCAUGUGUUCACCAAGUGCUAAUGCGUUGGUCCGGUUCUUUAUUAAAAGGAGAACCUUAAUAUCCCAUAGUUUCCUUUUGGACCCCGUUGCCACGGGAGGGAUGGACAAUAGAUGACAUGCAUGUUCUUUUCCCUAAGCACGUAUGACGACACACAGAAUGCAUGCCUACAUCACAUUGACGAACGGGAGCUAGCUACAUAUCUCUCUGUGUUAUAGCUGUUGCAUGAUGAAUAUCAUCCAAACAAAUCACCGACUCAUUGCCUACGAGUUUGUCCUACUGCUGCUACUACUGUUGCUACUACUGCUGCUACUACUGUUGCUACUGCUGUUACUUGUUUUGCUCUGCUGCUGCUACUACUGUUGCUACUGAUGUUACAUGUCUUGCUCUGCUGCUGCUACUACUGUUGCUACUGCUGUUACUUGUCUUGCUUUGCUGCUACUGUUGCUACUACUGUCGCUUGCUACUGUUGCUACUUGCUACUGCUGUCGCUACUGCUUUUCCUUGCCGCUGCUAUUGCUCGUUACUUUGCCGUUACUCGCUACUUUGUUGUUACUACUUUGCUUGCAGAUACUAAUCUUUCAGGUGUGGUUGAAUUUGACAUAUUCAGCUGCUAAUACUUGAGAGUAUUCUCUCACCUCUCCUCGUGCGAACCAACAAAUUUGGGUUGAAUACUCUACCCUCGAAAACUGCUGCGAACCCACGCGCUGGUGGGCCGUCAACAAUAUUCUUCUAGUUUCAUUGCUGGGGAGUGCUAGUAGCAUUCUUCUGUUGCCGUUGCAGGGGAAGGUUUGUUGUCAUCAGCAUUCGUCUAGCCAUCGCCAGAGAUUGCAAUCACUCUCCCCUCAUAUAUAUAUGGGGAAGAGAGGAGGGGGCCGGCCCUAGGGUUUCCUCUAGGGGUGGGGGUUGCGGCCUAGGAGGUGGCUUGCCACCCAAGCAAGGGUGGCCCCACCCCUAGGGCUUGCCCUUCUGUUGGGGAUAUUAUCUGUUGGGUAACCCGCCCUAGUUGGGCCGGGUCACCCAUGCUGGCGACUCAUCUCCAAGUGGUUCCGGCCUUGGCCCAGCGAGGUCGGGAGUCGUAUGACGGUUCAGGACCUUCGGGGAAGUCCAUUGUAGGGAAGAUCUCCAUGUCUUGGAAAGAUGGCGACUUAGAGAUCGGAAGAAUCACAAUUUAUGUAAAGGAAAGGACUCUUGUAAACCCUAAGGACUCGACCUGUAUAUAAAGGCGAGUCCAAGGGAAGGAGAAGGGAGGUUAGAAAUCAUCGAGUGCUAGGUCAGGCGAGUUACACCCCCUUGUAAUCGAAACACCAUCAAUACAAACACCAAGCAGGACGUAGGCCUUUACCUCCUCACGAGGGGCCGAACCUGGGUAAAUCUCUAUCUCGCACCCGCAUAACCCCUUUGAGUCACCACCAAGAUGCGAUGGCUCCAACACUAAGUCCUUUCACGAGGACAUCUGCCGUGACAAAACCAUGACAGUUGGCGCCUACCAUGGGUCCUGCGCACGGUGGAGUUGAAUUCUCAAAGGGAGCCCUACCAGGGUCUGGGAGCUACGCAGUGGGGAUCAUGACUCGGAGCCACCGCGGGAAGUACUACAUCAAUAACUUGCUAUGGGGGCCCGAGGCCGAUUCGAUCGAAUCCGGCUACAGAAUCCCCUUCGGCAAGAUCAACGUCUUCGUCGGCAUGGUUGGAUCGCCUAUGCCUGAGCCGGACAUCUCCUCCGACAUCGUCGAGCCGGCCAGGUACGUCUUUGUUGGGUUCACGCAGGGAUCUAAGGAACCAGAACAAUCGGCGACCCAGUAGACCAUGCCGGUCAACACAGAUGACGAAUCAUCCAUGGGCGAUUCAGAUUCAAUUCUAUCUCUACAUGGGGGCUGCCUUGGGGGCUUGUCACUAGCCAUGGACCCUGAGGUUCUUGACCGGACCCGCCGUCAGAUCGACGUUUACAUGGCAGGGGCGACUCAGCCCUCGCCAAACCCGGCACGCGGAGAUGGGGCUGGCGAAACGUCUAGAAGCCCGGCCAUGAUCUUGGUGGAGUAAGCGGCGGAGAUAACGAGGCUCACGGCGACCCCCAUAACGUCAGAAAACCAGGACGCGAUAAACACGAAGCUAACAAAACUAAGAGAUGGGGUGGCAAAGGCUCAGCGGGACGCUGAGGUGGAAGCCGCCGGGAUCGAGACCCGGCAGGCUCAAAUUACCGCCGAGGUAGCUCGCUUGAAUGCCGAAACCUGGCGGCUCAAAAGGCAUCAGCGUGCACCAGACGCCGUCCAUCAGCGGAGGCAUCAGGGUCAUUUACCCCCUGAUCUCAACCCAACCCGCCUGUUCGACACUCCACGAACACCCGGGGCAGGAGACGCCCCGGGGGCAGGGACGGGCCAGCCACCAAACCCGCUGUUUCAGCCAGCUGUGAUCGCGUCCCCCGAUUCCAGACACCUCGAGGUCACUUUUCCAACCCGAUGGAAAACGUCCUUGACGCAACUCGCCAUUUAGAAUCCCUUCCGAUUCAUGGCAACACUCCAGCUGAGAUAGAAGCAAGGAACGCCAUUGAGAUGUUGAAGAUGGCGGUGGUUCAAAACGCCCAGUUUUCACACAACCUAGAUCGGCUGCACUCCACUCCCUAGACAAGCCGCACCAGGAGUCGACCAGAGGACCAGCCCGCCAUAACCAGCGGACCGCGACCCUUUCCCCAGGUCAACUCGCCUGAUCGCCGAGACACGCCAGGUCGGGAUCACCCGAACACCCAAGUUUCCCCAGCGCCUCUUGUUGGAAGCGGCAGACAAGUGGGGGUGCCAUGCUUGGCCCCCACCCUUCACAACGAGUGAAUGCCCAAGGAUUUUAAAGGACCAAGAAAGGUGCCUAACUACACUCCGAACCUUGAGCCGUCGUCAUGGGUCAAGAGUUACGAAAUCGCCAUGGACAUGCUCGAUGUAAGCGAAGCAGUCUGCGCCAGAUACUUCACAAUGAUGCUCGAAGGGACGACACAUACUUGGUUAAAGCACUUGCCCCCCAAAUCCAUCCAGUCUUGGGCCGAAUUAAAAGAGCGUUUCGUCAAAAAUUUCCGAGGGACCUGCAAGCGCCCGAUGACAAUAGUCGAUUUACAACACUGGGUUCAACGCCCGGACGAGUCGGCCCACCGCUGGACGCGGCGGGUCGCGGAAAUCAUUCAUUCGUCGGAUGGUAUCACGGCGGCUCAGGCUGUGCUAAUCCUGGAGCAGAACUGCCACUAUGAGCCCUUGGUGCAGAAGUUGGGACGACUCAAGCGAAAGGUGCAAGAUAUGGGGGAGCUAAUGGACACCCUCACUAGGUACGCUGAGGCGACGACACCAAAGAUCCAGGAGAAGAUGGUGGUAAAGCCAACUCGCCAAGGAAAGGCGAGUCAUCCAAAAAUCAUACCCGGUUCGAGGGACGCGCCCGCCAUAAUCAUGGAGCUUAUGGAAAAAUAAGCAGCAGGAAGUGUCUUCGGACUUAGUUGCCAACACCAACGCCAACAAUGGCAACCAGCGCCAGAAGAAGAAUAGGGGUUACAGUGGCAAAAAGCCGCGCAACUAUAAUGAGUUACUCAAGGGCCCCUGCCCGCACCACGCCAUGGCAGACGGACCGGCGACUCAUUCCUGGGAGGACUGUUACGUGAUGCGGGAGUUUCGGGCGGAGGCGAUCAAAAAAGGGCAAGGCGGCGACCCGGACCAACGGCAGGAACAGUUUGGCUCACCUAAUCAAUGCCAGAACCCCUUCGGCGGCUUCUCCGAACCCAGGGCUCAGGGCGGCUCGCAGCCAAACAAUGGCCAGUAUCCGGUGCAUCACCAACGACGGUAUAACCAGCCGGGAGCCUUUCAACAACCACCCCCACAGGGGGUUCUGCAGGGGCAGGAUGACAAUGGCGGUUUCCGCAACAACCCCAAGCAGUUAAGCAAUGGGCAUUACCAUGUUUUCACCACCAAUGCCUGCAAGCGCGAUAAAAAGGUGAGUCACCGAGCGUACAGUGUAUCUGAGCCAGCACUCCCUAGAUAUCUCCACUGGUCGGAGUAGACCAUAUCAUGGAGCAGGGAGGAUCACCCGCCAAAAGUUGAGAAUCCCGACGACUUAGCGUUGGUCGUGGCCCCUCAAGUUGGAGGAUAUACCUUAUCGAAGGUACUGAUGGAUGGUGGUAGCAGCAUCAACAUAUUAUACUUCGACACCUUUCGAAGGAUGAACCUGUUGGAGAAAGAUUUGAUGCCCUCAACCACGGUAUUCCAUAGGAUUGUCCUAGGUAAAUCGGCAUAUCCCAUAGGCCGUGUUAGGCUCACAGUUGCGUUUGGAGCAGCGUCUAACUACAGGAGUGAGUCGCUUAUAUUUGAGGUGGUCAAGUUAAAAAGCCCCUAUCAUGCGCUCUUUGGGAGGCCGGCUUACGCCCGGUUCAUGCUCGCCCCUGCUAUGUUUACCUUAAACUCAAGAUGCCUAGUCCUAAAGGACCCAUCACGGUUGAUGGUGAUAGGAGGAUUGCAAGAGAGUGUGAAGAAGGGGAUACGGCUUACGCAGAAGUCGCCUGUGUUGCGGAAGAGCUUAAAUAUCACCAGGCCAAUGUUGAUCCGGCUGACAUGUCACCUCUAAAGAAGCCAACGACAGACGCUGAGCCGCCCCUCAAGUUCAAACCAACAGACGACACUAAGACAGUGGAUUUCGUCCCUGGUGACUCAACCAAGCAGUUCACUAUCGGGGCGGGUCUUGACCCCAAAUAGGAAAGCGCGCUCAUCGAAUUCAUCCAUGAGAAUCGGGACAUCUUCGGAUGGAAACCUUCUGACAUGCCUGGUGUGCCGAGAGAAUUCGCUGAGCACCAUCUUAAUGUUGACCCAAAAGCAAAACCGAUUCAGCAAUAUCUUCGCAGGUUCAAUGAGGAACGACGCAAGGCAAUCGGGGAAGAAGUUGCCCGUCUCUUGGCCACCGGAUUCAUCGUAGAGGUCUUCCACCCCAAGUGGUUGGAUAACCCGGUUCUGGUGCUCAAGAAGAACUGUACCUUCCGCAUGUGCAUUGAUUACACAGAUCUUAAUAGAGCUUAUCCAAAGGAUCCUUUCGCCCUUCCCCACAUCGAUCAAAUUAUUGAUUCGGUGGCGGGAUGCGAAUGUUUGUGCUUCCUGGACGCUUAUUACCGAUAUCACCAAAUCAAGAUGGUCGUGGAAGAUCAGGAGAAAACAGCUUUUAUAACCCCCUUCGAUGCUUUCUACUAUGUGUCCAUGCCAUUUGGACUCAAGAGUGCAGGGGCGACUUACCAGCGCUGCAUCCACAAUUGCCUCUGUGGCCAAAUCGGACGCAACGUUCAUGCUUACGUUGACGACAUUGUGGUUAAAACUCACAGGAAGGAAACACUACUGGGAGACCUAAAGGAUAAUCUGCGGGUAUACCAAUUGAAGCUUAAUCCCACCAAGUGUGUCUUUGCUGUUCCUGCAGGAAAAUUGUUGGGCUUCCUGGUAUCUGAGCGCGGCAUCAAAGCUAACCCGGACAAAAUCGAGGCGGUUACUUCCCUUGGGAAACCAGCGAAUGUUAAUCAAGUUCAACGAAUGGCGGGCCGUAUUUCGGCCUUAAGUCGCUUCAUAAUCCGUCUGGGUGAAAAGGCUAUUCCCCUUUAUCAAUUGCUUAAAAAAUCUGACCAUUUUGUUUGGACACACGACGCCAAUGAAGCUUUGGAAGCCUUAAAACAGCAGCUGGUCAACCCGCCGGUUUUGGCCGCCCGACUGAGAAAGAGCCUAUGCUUCUGUAUAUUGCGGCAAACUCCAAAGCGGUGAGUGUGGCAGUGGUCGUCGAAAGGAAGGAAGAAGGGAAGGAAUACCCAGUGCAACUCCCGGUGUAUUUCAUUAGCGAGGUGCUAACUCUCUCCAAGCAGCGAUACCCACACUGGCAGAAGUUAGUUUAUGGGGUCUUUAUGGCAAGCCGAAAGCUCAAACAUUAUUUCCAAGAGCAUCCCAUCACGAUGGUUAGCUCCGCUCCCCUCGGGGACAUCAUCCAUAAUUGGGAAGCGACAGGGCGAAUCGCCAAGUGGGCAAUCGAACUCGGGCCGCACCACGUGCGAUACACCCCUCGCACGGCUAUCAAAUCUCAGGCCUUGGUUGAUUUAAUCAACGAUUGGACCGAGUUACAGAUCCCGGAGGAUAGGCCUGACCUUACAUACUGGAAUAUUUAUUUUGACAGGUCUAGACAGUUGGAAGGCUCAGGGGCUGGUGUGGUGCUGAUAUCGCCUCAAGGAGACAAAUUCUGCUAUGUCCUCCGACUCAUGUUUCCAUGUACCAACAACGCUGCGGAAUACGAAGCUUUACUUCAUGGCUUGCGACUCGCCAAGGAGAUGAACCUUACGCGGGUCAGAUGUUUUGACGAUUCUGAUUUGGUGGCUCAGCAAGUUUCAGGUACUUGGGAUUCUCGGGACCCCCUGAUGGAGGCUUACAGGAGGGCUGUGUCUGAUGUGGCGGGUCACUUCCAUUAUUAUCAGGUCGAUCAUAUCGACCGGCGCCUUAACGAAGCAGCUGAUGGCCUUUCACGUCUCGGUUCGCAGCGCAAGCCGGUUCCCCCCAAUGUCUUUCUGGAUACUCUGCAUAAUCCUUCCGUAAGGUUACCCUCGGAGGAGGAGUUGACAAUACCAGACCCUGAGUCUCAGUUCGUGGCAGCUCUCCAUGUUACGCCGGAUUGGGUUCUUCCGUAUCUGGCCUAUCACGCCCGAGGCGAGUUACCUUUGGAUGAAGUAUUGGCUCGUCAAAUCGUUCGGCGAAGCAAAUCCAUGGUGAUCAUCAAUGGCGAAUUAUAUAAACGAAGCACUUCCGGGGUUUUCCAAAGAUGUGUCUCCUCUGAAGAAGGAUGUGUAAUUCUAAACGACAUUCAUUCCGGAGAUUGUGGACAUCACGCCGGGUCAUGUUCCUUGGUUUCAAAGGCGUUUCGUCAUGGUUUCUUCUGGUUGACGGCCCAUGCAGAUGCAGAAGAGAUUGUUCGUCGAUGUGACGGAUGCCAGCGUUAUGAACGACAGGACAAUGUGCCGGCUCAAGAGUUAAGGAUGAUACCUAUCACUUGGCCUAUUGCGGUCUAGGGGUUAGACAUGGUUGGCCCCUUUAAGAUGUCGUCCAACAAAAAAACUCAUCUGCUGGUGGCGGUUGAUAAGUUUACCAAGUGGGUCGAGGCAGAACCUGUUGGAUCCUGCGACGCGGAGACAGCGGUCAAAUUUUUGAAAAAGUUAAUCUUCUAGUUCGGAUAUCCACACAGCAUUAUUACUGACAAUGGCACUAAUAUGUCUCAAGGAGCGAUGCGGGAUUUUUGUCAUCGUGAGCAUAUCCGCCUUGAUGUUUCUGCAGUAGCUCAUCCGCAAUCUAAUGGGCAGGCCGAGCGGGCGAAUCAGGAAGUGUUGCGAGGAAUCAAACCCCGACUCAUGAUUCCCCUGGAACACACCCCGGGGUGUUGGGUUGAGGAGUUGCCUUCAGUACUAUGGAGCAUCCGGACCACCCCGAACCGUUCUACGGGUUUUACUCCUUUCUUUCUGGUAUAUGGAGCAGAAGCCGUUCUUCCCACUGACAUUAGGCAUGACUCGCCCAGAGUUGCCUCUUAUGUGUAAUAGGACAACGAGUUGGCGCGUCAAGAUUCUUUGGACGCUUUGGAGGAAGCACGCGAUUUGGCUGCAGCCCGUUCGGCGAUUUAUCAGCAGGACUUGCAGCGUUAUCACAGCCGCCGGGUCAAGAGCCGAAUCUUUCAGGAGGGCGACUUACUCCUUCGAUUGAUACAAGAUCGUACUGACAUGCAUAAGUUAUCACCACCAUGGGAAGGACCGUUCGUCGUCAGCAAAAGCCUUCGCAACGGGUCCUACUAUCUGGUGGAUCUAUGGCCUGAUCGGCCAACCACGGAGGCUGAGUCAACUCGCCCUGGAACAUAGCCCACUUGCGGCCUUAUUACACUUGAGCUAAUUAGCUCUGCCUUUUUUCAUUUCUUAUGAAGCAAUAAAGUUGAUGCCUCCAGGCUUGGGGGCUUUCCUGCUAAUUCAUCUUAUUGGAAGUAUGGAUCUUUAUUUUACUCUUCAAAAAGUCGCCCAAGCAUGGAUGCUAUCUAUACCAAAGGGCUUAAGUCGCCAUGAUGCGCUUAUUACAAAACUGGGUAUCGAUAAGCCAAAGAGGAUCGAAGUCGCUACAAGCGCGCGAUUCAAACAUAGGCGUUUUAUAUGAUUCUGUGGAUUAGGCCGGCUUACUUGAGGGCAGUUUGUUCUCAAGUCGUUUUGUGGUAAUAGCGUAUACGCUUCUACAAUCCUAUGACGGUCUUUCCCUUAAUCAUAGGUCACUUGGGGGCUUCCUCUCACUGAGAUCAGCCUUACUACCCAUUUGGCUUGCGAAAAAUUACCGCAUUACAAAUGGUUAUACUGGACUGUGUGCUUGGCCGAAUCGCCAUAUGGACCCAUGAACUCUUGGCGAGUUAAUCCGCUUAUGGACCCUGAAUAUGCCUUGGUUAAAACAUGUCUGGUACCGGCUAGCGCCUCACAUGGAAAAUAGAGAAACCACUGGUUCACUGAACCCGCUUCACUGAAGCUUGACUCGCGCCUGAUCAGCCGGUCUAAAUACUUGAGCUUUUUAUACAAAAGUCUACCUCGGGUAGCACUUGAGUUCAUUUAACUCAUCCUAUCCUAUCACGACCUGAUGAGCCGACGAAAUUGCAAUUUUUUACCUUCCUAGCACUGCCACAAGGUCUUUCUGACUUUUUUCUGACUCGCCACAAAUAUCUUGGGUCGGUUAUUAUUUAUUAUCAUCCAUUACUCACUGAGAUGAUUUGAUAUAUGUUUUUAAGCCUAACAGGUUGAUGAUCAAAAUCAUUCUAGCCAUGGCGGGUCAAGCAUCAUAAAAAUGUCUUGAGGGCGAGUCAAGCAUUCUAAGGCGCCUUAAGUGUGACAUAAGGGUUUUCAAGACAUCACAGAAGCAGUUUGAUCUCUAAAAAACUUAUUACAUGGCUCAUAUGGCCAAAUCUAUGAAGGAUUAUUCUACUGAUUUCCUCGGGUCAGCCUGCUGCGAGCUCUGGCCGACUUCAAUUUGCAAGUCGCCCAGUACCCAGUUACACUUGGAUAAUGCGGCGAACUCAUCUUCAUCGUUCAGCACUGAUGAAAGAUCCACCUCCAACUCAAAAGGAUUCUUGGGUCGACGCGGAGUUAAGCUGGUCGUUACAAAGGUUGGCGGGUUAAAUUUCUUGUUCUUGUUGUCAUAGGCGGCCUGGUAUUUUGAUAAAUCCAGGCUUGCGGCAAGCUGAGUCGCUGCCAAACGGGAUUCUUUGACAACACGCUGGUAAUCUUCUUUAGCAAAUUCUGACCCGUCAUCCUUGAGCUGGGGAAAGCCUGCCGCUACUUCUUCAGGGUUUAUUUCUGGAGCAUACGCCAGACACCGACUCAGCGUAGUGAGUGCUCCUUUCCGGGCAGCAGACCGAGUUAGCUCACCAAUUUGAGGAGGAAGAGUAGAUAAGCAGCCAAGCAUCUUCUUUAUUGAUGUUAUGGGUUCCUUGGCACCCAUCACUGCUUUCACGGUCAGCACACUUCCGGUAUACAGCUUCUCCGUCAACGUGUAAAUCGCCUUCAGCAUUAGGACGCAAUCGUUCUGAAGAUUGACGGCUCUUGGACCUGCAUAAGGAGUAAUGAUGGUCAGCGAUUUCUACAAGUUAUUUAUUUACGAAGUGCAAGGUUAGGGUUUCGUUUUAACCAAAGACGGCUUGGGCCAUGUUGGAGAUAUGUCGCUUUAAGGCGGCUAGCUCUUGUUGCAUAGUAUCCAACUUUGCUUCAGCUUUUUCUGCUCGCUUUAUCAGGGCAUCUUGAUCAGCUUGAGGAUUUUUUAUGUCGGCUUUUAGCUUCUCCUUCUCAGACAAGAUCAGUUGACACUUCUCUUCUGAUUUUGCCCGGGCAUCCUGCUGAUCGGUUAAAUUUUUCUUCAAGUCGCCAAAUGCUGAUUCAGCUUGGGUAAGUAAUUCCUGUUGAAAUAUAUAGUCAAGGGGCGAGUCUUAGAAUUAUUGCAAGCAACAUCCCUGACACUUGGGGGCUAAUGUAUAAUUUUUUAGACAAAUUAUACAGUAUCAAGACCCGACUCAUCUUUUUACAAAUGACUCAGCCCUUGGGGGUUACAGGUCGAAUGUUUUCUUCAAUUAUCAAGACCCGGCUCAUAUUUUUACAGAUGACCCGGCCCUUGGGGGUUACAGGUCGAAAGAUUUUCUUCAAAAUUAUCAAGACCCGGCUCAUCCUUUUACAGAUGACCCGACCCUUGGGGUUACAGGUCGACAGAUUCAUUUUACUAUUAAGACCCGGCUCAUCUUUUUACUGAUGACCCGGCCCUUGGGGGUUAAUAAGGACAAUACAGUAUGCAAUAAGACGUUCCUCAUGUUUGUUCUUCAGCAUAAGAAACAGACUUUUUUCCAUCUCAUAACUCGCCUCCAGGCGACUUGCAAAGCCCGAGCAAAGUUCUCUGAAUUCAAGAUUUUCAUAGUGGGAGAGCUUAGCCUUGGAAAGUUCAUACUCAAUAGCAGGUUGAGCUGAUGAUGAUACAUGCUUCGACAAAACUGUUGUGGCCGGCUUAGAAAAGCGAGUGCCGGUGAUAACCACAUCGUCUGGGUCUUCUGCUGUUUUCAAUGGACUUGGCGGAUUAGGCGUUUCCAUGGUUUCCUUGGGCGAGCUUGGGAGAUCCACUUGAUCCUCGGGUUUAUCUUGGGCCGGGUUAUCCUGGAUCGGCGCCGAUUUUUCAACAGGCUCUGAAGCUGUAAUGGGAGUUGACCCGCAAGUUUUCCUUUUCUUCGCAUGUGCCCUAAAAGGAAAAGUGGGUGCACUUAAAGAAACAGACAUUACCAUCAUCAGAACAAGGUAGGUGUUAUAAAAGACUUACCCUGGGACGCGGAUCAUCGGUGGAAGUGCUGACAUCACUGAGUCGCCGGAUGAAGGAGGAGAACUCUGCAAAAAUAACACUUCAAGAUGUGAGCGAGUUAUUAACGCGAUCCAAAAGGAAAUGAAGAGGUGCUAUUAAAAGAUACCUCAUUGUGCCUUUUCUUGGUUUUUGUUGGUAACCCGGACACCAAAUUUCUAGAAUGACUCCGAGUUUUCCAAUUUGAAGCAUGUUGCGCUUUCUUCAAAAGGAAAUUUGGAUCCAAACAAGCAUUUGGGUGUGAGAAGGGAACUUCCCAACAAAUUCGCCUGGCCGGCUUAGGUGGAGGAGAAGAUGAGUCGGAGGAAACAGAAAUUACCUCUACGGAGUCUUCCUGGCUUUCAUUGUCCUCAUUCUACACAAGAGAUACAGAGGCGUAAACACAAAACUAUCAACAAUGAAUGGCGAGUUAAAGAGGAUGGAUUUUUACCUCUGAAAGUACGUUGCCCACUUGGGAUUCAUCGACUUCAGAUGGCUCAGUGACGGCGGUUUGGCCUUGCCCUUGGACUUCUUCUUUGGAGGCGGCUUGGCUUGCUUCAAGGCCAUCUUUUUUGGCCUCCUGGACCAGAAUUUGUCACCUUUCUGAAAUGGCAUUUUUUAUUAUAGGAGGUCAUAGCUCAAGUAAGACGGAAGGAAUAAAGCAAAAGUGGGUUAAGUUAUUUACCUUUGGUGCCGGGUUGAUCUUGCAGAACGGCUUAAGACCUAUUUGGCCGCACUUGGCCAUGAGUUCGCCGGUCAAUUUCUUGAUGAUGGUUACAAUAUCAUUUUCUGUCAGUGCUGUGUGGAAGUAGCACUGGGAGUGAUCCAGGGUACCAUCAAAAUCACACAUUAAUCCGUCCCAGCGACUUAAGGGAAGGAUACGCCAUUCGACCCAGCAGCAGAUUAAGUCAACCCCAGUAAGGCCAUUGUUUGUCAGAGAUCUUAACUCGGACAGUACUGGGAUAAAAUCUGACUCCUCUUCUUCGGUGAGCUUGUCUGGGAGUUUUAAAUUUGUUGGAAGGCAAUCCUCCCUAUAGCCAAGAAGCUUGUUCUCGCCCUCAGGCGAAGUCUCCUGGCAGUAAAACCAAGACUCAGUCCAGCCUUUGGGAUGGCUUGGCAUGGCGAGUGACGGGAAUGAACUAUCCCUACGGUGUUGAACAUUGACACCUCCAAGCUCCAAGCUAGGGCCAUUGGAAAAUUCUGUCUAGCGAUUCAAAUGGAAGAAGUACCAGAAUAAAGGAACUGAGGGUUCCAUCCGCAAGUAGGCCUCACAGAACACGUGGAACUGGCAUAAAUUGCUUAUCGAGUUGGGCCCUAAGUCCUGGAGGCGGACAUUCAUAAAGGUCAUGGCAUCCCUGAGGAAUUUUGAUUUGGGCGGCUUAAAACACCGUUCAAGGUGUUCAACAAAAACAACUAUCUCCCCUUCCUUUGAGUUGGGGAUUUCCUCUCCUAACCCAGAACGCCAACUGAUAACCUCUUGAGGGUCCAGAAUCCCCGUUUUCACACAGUUGUUAAGGAGAGUAUCAUCAACCUUGGUCGGGAGCCAAUCACAUUUGAAAAUGGUGCCCAGGCUACAAAGGGACAAAUUUACGGGUAAAUUAACACGCCAAGCAUCUACUAAAUGGUGAAACAGAUUCAUUUGACUCGCCAAACAGUUUGCGUGAUAACUGAGGGAGUUUUUUGACUCGCCGAUAAAGGUCCGGGUCAGGAUACCAGGGCGACUUAUGUAAUUCUUACUACUUAAAGGAAAGAUGGUUCAAAGCUUCAGUAGUGUCCGCCAAAAUUGUGAAGUAUGAAUCCAUAAACAGGUUUCAUGCGACGAGCAGUAAGACAGAAAUGAAUGCGAAAAGGUCUGGGUAAAACGGCCUAUGACCAAGAUGAAAACAGUACAGUUGAUCUGGUGAAAACCUUUCUAAGUCUGCAAAUCAAGGCUAAGCAACAAAGGGUAUGGAAAAUGUUGAUGUACUCACUAUCGUCACCACCAACUAGCCAGGAAUUACAAAGCUAUUCGAGAUGUUUUAAAGAAAUAGUGGACAUGAACCUCGAGAAGCUUAGAUCUGCCUUCAAUGGCGGGAGGCUGACCUGGUAAAUGCAGCUGGAGGCGUCCGAAGAAAGAUUCGCGGUGAGCGUCGCACGUUCGGCAACUCCCGGACGGCGGCGAAGAUCUCGGACGAUGACGAAGAUCUCGGACGGCGACGAGGUUCUCGAAACGGCGGCGAGGCUCUCGGGCGACGACGAAGUGCUCGGACAACGGCUGAGCUUUCGGGCGGCGACGAAGUGCUCGGGUGGCGACGAAGCUCUCGGGUGGCGACGAGGCUCUCGGUGCGACGGCGAGGAAGAAGAGGGUGACAAGAUGGGUAGGUGGAAAUGUGCCCUGUCCCCUCCUCCCUCCUAGUUAUCAGGUCAGGCGCUGGGAUCGAGGCGCCACGAGUGGGAACUGCCAAAAAAGAUAAAGAUUCGCCAUGAUGGCGCCCCAAAAUUUUCGGGAUAGCAAUACCGAAGGAUCCGUUGGAGAUUACGUCAUCAUCUCUUCCGAGGUUAAAGGGAUAAGAAGGCGCCAACAAGAAGUGGUUCGGCGACUUGAGUUUUUCCGCAACAGAUGGCGGUUUAAGUGCAUGGUUCGUAAAAGGAUUGAGAUGAAUCGCCCCUAACUGGGUGAGAAUAUUGGCGUGAAAAAAUUCAAGUCAAUCUGGGGCCUAAUGUUGGGGAUAUUAUCUGUUGGGUAACCCGCCCUAGUUGGGCCGGGUCACCCAAGCUGGCGACUCAUCUCCAAGUGGUUCCAGCCUUGGCCCAGCAGGGCCGGGAGUCGUAUGACAGUUCAGGACCUUCAGGGAAGUCCAUUGUAGGGAAGAUCUCCAAGUCUUGGAAAGAUGGGGACUUAGAGAUCAGAAGAAUCACGAUUUAUGUAAAGAAAAGGACUCUUGUAAACCCUAAGGACUUGACCUGUAUAUGAAGGCGAGUCCCAGGGAAGGAGAGGGGAGGUUAGAAAUCAUCGAGUGCUAGGUCAGGCGAGUUACGCCCCCUUGUAAUCGAAACACCAUCAAUACAAACACCAAACAGGACGUAGGCCUUUACCUCCUAACGAGGGGCCGAACCUGGGUAAAUCUCUGCCUCGCUCCCGCAUAACCCCUUUGAGUUGCCACCAAGAUGCGAUGGCUCCAACACUAAGUACUUUCACGAGGACAUCUGCCGUGACAAAACAACGACACCUUCCACCAGCCCAGUCGCAUGGGCUUAGGUGGGGAGGGGCGCCCAGCCCACCAGGCGCUGGUAUGCACUCUUCUCAGCCCAUGUGGCCCCUCCGGGGCAGGUCGGACCCUUUCAACACUCCUGGUACUCUGAGGUAAUGCCCGAACUUUCCGGUGACCAAAAUGGAACUUCCUGUAUAUGAAUAUUUACCUCCUACCAUUUUGAAGAUCCUCGUCAUGUACGGGAUCUUAUCUUGGACUCUGAAAAACAUUUGGUUAUCAACAUACAUAAGUCAACAAUACUAUAUCGUCAUCGAAGAUUAAGCAUGCGGACCCUACGGGUUUGAGAACUAUGUAGACAUGAUCGAGACACCUCUACAGUUAGUAACCAAUAGAGGGACUUUGAUGCCCGUAUUAGUUCCUACAUAUUCCAUGAAUAACUUUAUCGUUCAAACCACGAUGCCAAGGAUUCAAUCCAUCCCGUAUGGAGUUCCCUUUGUCGAGCGGAAUGUUACUUGCCCGAGAAUCGAUCGUCGAAACCUUCAUACCUAGUUAAAUCUUGUUACCGAGAAGUCUCUUUACUCGUUCCGUAAUACAAGAUUCCAUGCCUAAUUCCUUAGUAACAUCCCAGAGAUACCUCUAUGUCAUACGGAGUGAAAAAUCCCGGUCUUGAUCCAUGCUAACCCAACAAAGACGCUUGGAGAUACCUCUGGAGGAUCGUUAUAAUCACCCAGUUACGAAUUGAUGUUUAAUAGGCACAAGGCAUUCCUCCGGUUUUAUGGAGUUGCAUGAUCUCAUUGUAUUAGGAAUAGGUACUUGAUGAUACGAUCAAAUGAUAUGCUUACGCUUGGGUCUUGUCCAUCAUAACAUUCUCCUAAUGAUGUGAUCUCGUUAUCAAAUGCCAACUCAUGUCUAUGGUUAGGAAAUCUUAAUCAUCUUUGAUCAAUGAGCUAGUGUAGUAGAGGCGUACUAGUGACACAGUGUUGUCUAUGCAUCCACACAUGUAUCUGAGUUUCAAAUAAAUACAGUUAUAACAUGGAUAAUAAAUGAUUAUCAUGAACAAGGGAAUAUGAUAAUAACUACUUUACAAUUGCCUGUAGAGCAUGUUUUCAAGAGUCUCCCACUUGCACUAGAGUCAAUAAUGUUGGAAAUAUGCCCUAGAGGCAAAAACAAAUUAGUUAUUACCAUAUUUCCUUGUUUAUGAUAAUCAUUUAUUAUCCAUGCUAUAAUUGUAUUGAUUGGAAACUCAAAUACAUGUGUGGGUACAUAGACAAUAAAGUGUCCCUAGUAUGCCUCUGUUGGACUAGCUCGUUGAUCAAAGAUAGUUAAGGUUUCCUAGCCAUACACAUGAGUUGUCAUUUCAUAAAGGGAUCGCAUCAUUAGGAGAAUGAUAUGAUGGACAAGACCCAAACCUUAAGAAUAGUGUUCGAUCGUAUCCAGAUUACUGCUAUUCACUACAGGAAUCACCUUCUUUGCCGUCCGUCAUAACAGACGGCAAAGAGGACCCCACCGACGGCAAAUCUCUUUGUCGUCAGCUUACUGUCGGCAAAGAUUCUGCGUCAGCUUACGACGGCAUUGUACCUUCUUUGUUGUAGGCCUUCCCUAAGCGGACGACAAAGCUCUUUGCCGUCAGUAUCUGGCAUCGAGUAGUCGGCAAAGAAUUUGAGAUGGCAGCCGACAGGAGACGCCUCCGUUAUGGCUAACGGAGGCUUUGCCGUCUACUUGCCCCUAGUCUUUGCCGUCUGCUUCCCCCUAGUCUUUGCUAUCUGCUUCCCCCAUAACAGCCCAACAGUUUUUCUUCUCUUUGCCAUCAGCCUCCCCGGGCAGCAGACGGCAAAGAAGCUACAUAGCAGCUGCCCUCGAGGGUGCAUAGCCUGGUGCCAUGUGGCACCUUUGCCGUCGGCCAGCUGAUGGCAAAGCUCUUUGCCAUCAGCUGGCAGACAGCAAAGAGUCCAUAUAGUUUCUAUUUUGUUUGGUUUUAUUAUUUCAUAAUAUAUAUAUAUAGUAGUGGCGCACCGAGACUGUGGUGCGCCAUUAGUANCUGUUCAUCCAUAGAUACAUAUACAUAUAGUUCGACAUUGUUCAUCAACUCAAAUUAAAACUAGAACUAAUAAGGCACUCCAUGAAUGCCAGCUUCCAUGCAUGUAGUACAUCCAAUCUGCAGAAAUGUGAAUAAGAAAGUCAGAAGAAGAACAACAUAUGAUAUUUUAGAGGAAAACAAGCUAAGAAUAUAAUAUUCAUUAGCUAACCAAGGUUCUAAUGCCAUUUUGAGCUUAUUAUGUCAUUUUGGAGCUAAAUGGGCUAAUUAUAUAUGUCAUUGUUGGGGAAAAUAAGGUAAGGAGAAUAAGAAAGAGGNNNNNNNNNNNNNNNNNNNNNNNNNNNNNNNNNNNNNNNNNNNNNNNNNNNNNNNNNNNNNNNNNNNNNNNNNNNNNNNNNNNNNNNNNNNNNNNNNNNNNNNNNNNNNNNNNNNNNNNNNNNNNNNNNNNNNNNNNNNNNNNNNNNNNNNNNNNNNNNNNNNNNNNNNNNNNNNNNNNNNNNNNNNNNNNNNNNNNNNNNNNNNNNNNNNNNNNNNNNNNNNNNNNNNNNNNNNNNNNNNNNNNNNNNNNNNNNNNNNNNNNNNNNNNNNNNNNNNNNNNNNNNNNNNNNNNNNNNNNNNNNNNNNNNNNNNNNNNNNNNNNNNNNNNNNNNNNNNNNNNNNNNNNNNNNNNNNNNNNNNNNNNNNNNNNNNNNNNNNNNNNNNNNNNNNNNNNNNNNNNNNNNNNNNNNNNNNNNNNNNNNNNNNNNNNNNNNNNNNNNNNNNNNNNNNNNNNNNNNNNNNNNNNNNNNNNNNNNNNNNNNNNNNNNNNNNNNNNNNNNNNNNNNNNNNNNNNNNNNNNNNNNNNNNNNNNNNNNNNNNNNNNNNNNNNNNNNNNNNNNNNNNNNNNNNNNNNNNNNNNNNNNNNNNNNNNNNNNNNNNNNNNNNNNNNNNNNNNNNNNNNNNNNNNNNNNNNNNNNNNNNNNNNNNNNNNNNNNNNNNNNNNNNNNNNNNNNNNNNNNNNNNNNNNNNNNNNNNNNNNNNNNNNNNNNNNNNNNNNNNNNNNNNNNNNNNNNNNNNNNNNNNNNNNNNNNNNNNNNNNNNNNNNNNNNNNNNNNNNNNNNNNNNNNNNNNNNNNNNNNNNNNNNNNNNNNNNNNNNNNNNNNNNNNNNNNNNNNNNNNNNNNNNNNNNNNNNNNNNNNNNNNNNNNNNNNNNNNNNNNNNNNNNNNNNNNNNNNNNNNNNNNNNNNNNNNNNNNNNNNNNNNNNNNNNNNNNNNNNNNNNNNNNNNNNNNNNNNNNNNNNNNNNNNNNNNNNNNNNNNNNNNNNNNNNNNNNNNNNNNNNNNNNNNNNNNNNNNNNNNNNNNNNNNNNNNNNNNNNNNNNNNNNNNNNNNNNNNNNNNNNNNNNNNNNNNNNNNNNNNNNNNNNNNNNNNNNNNNNNNNNNNNNNNNNNNNNNNNNNNNNNNNNNNNNNNNNNNNNNNNNNNNNNNNNNNNNNNNNNNNNNNNNNNNNNNNNNNNNNNNNNNNNNNNNNNNNNNNNNNNNNNNNNNNNNNNNNNNNNNNNNNNNNNNNNNNNNNNNNNNNNNNNNNNNNNNNNNNNNNNNNNNNNNNNNNNNNNNNNNNNNNNNNNNNNNNNNNNNNNNNNNNNNNNNNNNNNNNNNNNNNNNNNNNNNNNNNNNNNNNNNNNNNNNNNNNNNNNNNNNNNNNNNNNNNNNNNNNNNNNNNNNNNNNNNNNNNNNNNNNNNNNNNNNNNNNNNNNNNNNNNNNNNNNNNNNNNNNNNNNNNNNNNNNNNNNNNNNNNNNNNNNNNNNNNNNNNNNNNNNNNNNNNNNNNNNNNNNNNNNNNNNNNNNNNNNNNNNNNNNNNNNNNNNNNNNNNNNNNNNNNNNNNNNNNNNNNNNNNNNNNNNNNNNNNNNNNNNNNNNNNNNNNNNNNNNNNNNNNNNNNNNNNNNNNNNNNNNNNNNNNNNNNNNNNNNNNNNNNNNNNNNNNNNNNNNNNNNNNNNNNNNNNNNNNNNNNNNNNNNNNNNNNNNNNNNNNNNNNNNNNNNNNNNNNNNNNNNNNNNNNNNNNNNNNNNNNNNNNNNNNNNNNNNNNNNNNNNNNNNNNNNNNNNNNNNNNNNNNNNNNNNNNNNNNNNNNNNNNNNNNNNNNNNNNNNNNNNNNNNNNNNNNNNNNNNNNNNNNNNNNNNNNNNNNNNNNNNNNNNNNNNNNNNNNNNNNNNNNNNNNNNNNNNNNNNNNNNNNNNNNNNNNNNNNNNNNNNNNNNNNNNNNNNNNNNNNNNNNNNNNNNNNNNNNNNNNNNNNNNNNNNNNNNNNNNNNNNNNNNNNNNNNNNNNNNNNNNNNNNNNNNNNNNNNNNNNNNNNGGGCCAGGGGUGUUGGGGCGGCGGGCCAACGCCGGGGGUGUUGGGGCUGUAGGGUGUCGACGAGGGCGGUGGGGCAGCGACAGCGGGGCUGUGGGGCACCAGGGCGGCGGCGGGAUGGUGUUGGCGGCGGUGGGCGUCGAGGAGAGGAGUGGAAGAGAGUGGAGCGGCUACACCGAGGGUGAGAAAGAGAGGGGCAGGGUGGGGGCAAAGAGCCGUUACGGAGUUAGCUCUUUGUCGUCUGCCGGUGGAUGGCAAAGAGUCUAGACUCUUUGUCGUCUGCCUCCGGCCUCUUUUCGUCCGCUUGCACACGAAAAAGAAGGGACUCCAGUUUGACCUAACGUCCUCGCGGUCAGGUUGGCAUGUCCGUCUGCUUUGUCGUCUGCUUUAUGGAUCUUUGCCAUCCGUGGCUGACGGCAAAGAUGUGACUGAUGGCAAAGACCAUCUAUGCCAUCAGUCAUUUCUUUGCCGUCCGCUUUGUGGCAGCUGACAGCAAAGACACUCUUUGUCGUCCGUUCGCUGAUGGCAAAGAUUUGGCAGAUGGCAAAAAACUGAAUUCCAGUGGUGAUUGCUUUUUUACAUGUCAAUGUAUCUGUUCCUAGGACCAUGAGAUCCUGCAACUCACUAACACCGGAGGAAAGCCUUGUGUGUAUCCUACGUCGCAAUGUAACUCGGUGACUAUAAAGAUGAUCUACUUUUAUCUUCGAGGGUGUGUGUGGAGUUGGCAUGGAUCAAGACUGGGAUUUGUCACUCCAUGUGACGGAGAUGUAUAUCGGGGCUCACUUGAUAAUACAACAUCAAAAUAAGAUUUCAAGAAAUGUGUAUAAGGAGUUAGUUACAUGAUCUUGUAUUACGGAACGAGUAAAGAGACUUGCCGGUAAUGAGAUUGAACUAGGUAUGGAGAUACCGACGAUCGAAUCUCGAGCAAGUAACAUACCGAUGGACAAAGGAAACUACAUACGGGAUUAGCUAAAUCCUUGACAUCGUUGGUUCAACCAAUAAAUAUAUUCAUAGAAUAUGUAGGAACCAAUAUGGGCAUCCACAUCACACUAUUUGUUAUUGACCGUAAAGGUGUCUCGGUCACGUCUGCUUAGUUCUCGAACCCCGAAGGUCUGCCCACUUAACAUCAAGUGACGAUAUAGACAUAGUUGAGUUAUAGUGUUCGUCACCCAAGGUUGUUUGGACUCCCGGAUGAGAUUCCAGACAUCACGAGGAGCUUUGUAAUGGUAUGGAGGUAAAGAUUUAUAUAUAGGAAAGUGGUAUUCGGGUUCCGGAAGGGUGUUUUUGGUAUUGUACAAGGAGUGCCGAAAGGGUUUCGGGGGUCCACCGGGAGGGGCCCGCCCACCCCUGGGGGCACAUGGGAUUAAUAGGUCGUGCCCCAACACCUGGUGGGCUCUGAAGAUGACCCCUAUAGGGCCCAUGCACCCAAUGUGGAGGAGGAGUACUCGCUAGGGUGUACACUACCUUGUUGGAGGUGGACUCUUCCCCUCUUUGGUCGGCUAGCCCUCCUUGGAGGAGCACUACUAGGAAAAGGCUUGCUAAUGGCGCACCAUUUUUUGCUACUAAUGGCGCACUAUAGGUGCGCCACUAGCAUCACGCCAUUAGAUUUUUUUUACUAAUGGCGCACUACAAGUGCGCCAUUAGUAUCUGGUAUACUAAUGGCGCACCAGGUAGUGCGCCCUUAGUAUUGCUCACGGUGCGCCAUUAGUAUCUGGUAUACUAAUGGCGCACCAGGUAUUGUGCCAUUAGUAUAUAUCCUGGUGCGUCAUUAGUAUAGAUCCCGGUGCGCCAUUAGUAUAUAUCCUGGUGCGCCAUUAGUAUAGCUUAUGGUGCGCCAUUAGUAUGCCUCCCAGGGCCAUAUUUACCCAUAUGCUCUGACUUACUAAUGGCGCACUAGUGUGCUGAGUGAUGCGCCACUAGUAUGAAUAUUAGGUAUUUAUUUAAUUUUUUGUGAUAUUUGCACAUAUUACAAAAUAUAUUAUUGCACAGAAUAUAGAUAGCCCAACAUAUAAACAACAGAUUUAUCAAAUACAAUAGAAGAUUAGUCUCCGAAUACAAUUCAUCAUAUUAGUCUCCGAAUAGAAUUCAUCAUAUUAGUCUCCGAAUAGAAUUCAUCAAUAAUGCUAGAACAGGGUACUAUACAAACACUCUUAUAUUUCUUCCAUAGCGAGAGACAAAUGAGACAACAAACAACGAGCGAGCAGGCCAGAGACAAUUUGGCAUGAUAUGCAACCUGAGAGCGACAAAAACAAAGCAUGGAUUCCAGUGGUGAACUAUGAGAUGCAGCUCGUCAGGAAGGGCCGAAGGGCUCGGAGAUGCUUUUGCUCCUGCUACCGCAAGCUUCCGGUCCUCUAUGGGAGGCUGAGGCACCGCACCAAGGGCCAACAAUAAGACGCAUGUGGAGCCCAUGACAACCUUCAUGGGUACAUACAAGAAACUGAGUUACAUCAGUUUUAAGCCAACAACACAACAAGCAAAUAAUUGAGAGCUUACAGUAGGCAAGUAAGGUGUACACAAAAGGAACUGAAGUUGUGUUGAUAAAAUAACUUAAGACGCCCAAACAUAUGGAAAAGCAUUGAUAACUAACAACUCCUGUGCAUUCUUGUACAUUUGAUAGUUAACUUAAAAUAAUUUAUCAUUGCCGGAAAAGACACAAAUAAUCUCUAUGAAGAAAAGUGCACAUUGCCGGCGUAGGUAAAUAAAUCAUGCAUCCUCUCUUGGAGGAGACCCACUAAACAAGGAGCUCGAACAUGAAACAAAUGCCAAUAGAAAUGUAAGGUAGCCAACAAUUACGAACAUAGCAUGUUGGCUGCUAUGUUGCCGCAACAAAUAUUUGGAAGGUUGUUGCUGCUGCGAAAUGCUAGAAUUAAGAGCUUGACCUGCAGGUGGCUCAAACUAUUGAUGUAUUUGUGGAUGCAGUGUCUUCCUUUGUGAAUUCAAGAUGGCGAUAAUCUGUCUCUCGUACUGGGGAACUCUGUCCCUCAUGGAGGGCUGGAUAGCACUCUUGCUAAUUUGCAGCAUUUGCAAUAUAUGGUCCAACAUUAUUUUAAAGCUCUUGAUCCUAUCGUACUUGUCAGAUGGCAUACUACAAGAAAAGCUACAUGUAGAGGUCUGGUUAGAGGCAUCUCCAUGAGCUGUCUUUACCUUCAGAUAUUUAUAAAAAUUGUUACCGCAUACAAUCUAGCCUCAAAAUAAGAUAGCAAAAAAUGCUACAUAUCAGACAUACCUAAUAACAAGCUUUGUAUGUGUGUGCGUGUGAGAGAGUGUGUAUUUUGAAACAAAGAGAACUUUCAUGCCCGUAGUGCAUACCUGCCAUUUAAUGCUUUUACAACCGGUGAGAAGCUCUUUUGUCGGAUGAACUCUCCCGUGUUUGAACCAACUUGCUGCCACCAAUAGAUAUAGUAGUCUGCAGCUUACCAAUCUGCGAAAUAAAGAUGAUAUUUAUCCUCAGGACCACUGGAAGAACACAGAUACAUGCAGUUUAAUGAUGCACUCAAGCUAUGGGAGUAAAGCAACACAUACGUAUGUGUUUUAUCCUAGGGGUUAACAAAAAAGGACGCAUGAAGCAUGUGUUCCUGAAACUAUAAGAGCCUUGGCAAUACGCAUACAGUAAAUAUUGAACUCUUCAGCUAUCCAGUCUAAAAGGCCACUACAAAAUGAACCGUGUAUAACAGCUACUAAGUUCUGCAUCAGGACUAAGCAAACAGGAGCCUAAUGGCCUUAGAAUACCACACAAAGAGGAGCAGUUACAGAGGUGUGCACUUAGCAGAUAUACGAAAAAACAUUCUUAAAAUACAAAUUUGCACAUUUAUGUGCAAUAUCCCCAUGGAACAGAGUUGGUACUAAGCAAACUAGCAACCAAUAACUUGAAAACCUGCCCUGGACGGUCUUACUCCCUCGAAUAACCCCCAUGCCACAAGCAUGGUAGACAUGCAGUGUUUAAAUUGGGUAGAAUUUUUUCUCAUAAGCAUACUUAAAUCCCACACAUAAAUACCUACGCAUAUAUUAUAUGCCCCCAUACAACAUAACCAAAACAGCCGUGGUUCAAACCCACGUGCCCAAAGCAAGGGGAAGAAGAGAAGGUGAGAGAUCUCACCUCUAAUGUCUGUAGCGGUCGGUGAUGGUGGUGAGCUAGACGAAGACAACGAGACUGAGCCGAACCUACACGACCUGAACAACACAAAUAGUUGAGUGACGCUAUUGACAUUUAAAAUAUCGCUCCCACUAAUAACAGUAUAGCCUCAACGCAUGCAAGUUGUAAAGAUUUAACCUUUCAUCAAUAAAUGAACUAAGCAAUGAACAGCAGUGUGGAGUUACAAUUCAUUCUACUUCAUGAGAAGCAAACAAAUCCCCCAAAAUGACAAGUUAUAAUCACGCAACUGUAAUUAAGCAUCAGAUUAUUGACAAUGGAAUUAGGAUAUUAAGCAGCAAGUUGAUUUUUUUCUCUAGUGAAGAAUGAGAAAUCUGCUCCUAAACAAAAUACCAUGCCAAGUAAUUUACUUCACAGAUUAUUGCCAUGUCAGGGAGCUUAUGUUGCAGGCUGAGGUCGUCGUCGCAUGCCGCCGCCUUGGGCUCGAAGUUGCUCAAUGACUCCUCCAUGCUGCAGUCGACCGCCGCCUUGACUUAGGCCCUGACCAUCCACCGAAGCACACAGCAGAGGGCAGGAAAUCAUGAGCAAUACAACAUAUAAAAGCAUGAAUGGCACAAAAACAGAAUGAGGAUCUAUUAUAUCAAGUAAUCCAAGCAACCAAAUAUUCCACCAUGGAAAAAAUAAAGGGACGAUGCUAGUGAUGUUGCUAGACUUGGGGUUGGGCAUGAAUAAAUGACAUGCCAUAAAAAAACAACAAGAGCAAAGUGAGUGCACAAGCUAUGAAGUGGCUACAGUGAAGAUGACCCAGAGUGCGUGUUGUUUUCAGUAGAGUUGGACCCGUUAUUAAAAGGAAAAAUGAGAUAAAUAAGAAACCCCGUGACCGGAACCUUAAAUAGACCAGGCUAUGGUUAACAACAUCAACAGAGAGGGAAACAAACCUGAAUCCGGCUAGCAGAGACGUCACCGGAUGUUUGCCUGCUCCUCCACCUGCUCUGGCUCAUUCUCCUCUGACCUGCACACGCCCACGCAUCAGAGGAAGAAGAAGAAAAGGUAAGGAGGGAUACAUACCGAGGCUCUUGAGGGGAUCCUGCGGAUCUGACCUACAACGCCAUGCGUGGUGCUGUGUGGCUAGGGUUUCGGGCGGCGGCAGGGGUGGAAAGAGGAGGACUCCUCCUUUGCUGGUGCUUCGUAGUGGAGAGGGAAGGAGAUCUAGCUGAGCCGGCGGCGGUCCUCUGCUGGUCGCCGCAGCCCGAGCACGAUGGCUCCUCCACAGCGACCGGAGAGGGGGCGAGCAGCUGCUUGUUGGGGAGGAAGAACGCGGGCGCGGGAGGCACCGUUGUCAUCGCCGAAAGUAAUGACGAGGGAGGCGGCGCGGCGGCCGUUGGGUUGAGAUCGACUACGAGGAAGAGGAAGGGGGCGGCGCGGCGGCCUCCUUGGAAUAGAGAGGGGCACGAGGUGGGGGCGAGGCAGCGCACGGUGUGCUCGAUUUGGAGGCGGGGCGGCGCGCGCUCGAUUUGGGGGCCAAAACAGAGCGCCCGCGCUGCUCGGUUUGGAGGUGAAAACACAGCGUGCGCACGUGAUUUUGAAGAUCCCGUACGCUGCGUGCGGGCGAAAACAGAGCGCCCGUGCCGCGCGUAUUUUUUUGUAUCUCCCUAUUAUUUUAUUUUAUUGUACAUAUAAUAAGUAUCUUGUAAGAAGACUGCCAGAAUGUAGUGUAUCUGCACACUUAUUGUUUAAAAUUAUGGUUUCAAUUACAGAAAAGGAAUUUGUUGGAACACAGACCAAAAAGAAUAAGAGAUGGGCAACAUGAAGUGCAAAAGUAAAAGGGCAAUCUUGUUUCAGCUUCUAACUACCUAGAUGAGGGCAAUCUCAACCAUGUUGUUCUAGGGGGGCACUGUAUAUGAAUUUUAGGAAGUUCUAUGAAGAAAAGACACAAAAAAUGUCCGUGCAUUGUAUAUUCAAAGUACGCAUGCGAAAUAGUUGGAUGGUUGUGAGUGAUGAUGAUCAAACUCGUAAUCUGAAUUGUGUCGUUUUGUCUAAUCACACAAUUGUGCUAUGCGGCUGUGCCAUUUGUUUAGCGAGAAGAGUUGGACAACAAGGGACAUCGGGACAAGGGUGCCUUUGAAUUCUGAGUUCUACCAAUUUAUAAAUUCAUUUCUCCAUUUCUCCUUGCAUUAUCCCCCCCCUCAUUUUGAAGGUUUGUCCUCACUUUCUACUUUUUUUCCUGAUCACGCAAAAAUGUGAUAUGGCUUGCACGGACGACGGUCAAGGCCCUGCGCUCCCCGCCCCGCCAACCACCACCACACAUCGCCAAGCGGGACCCUCGCCGGUCAACUGGAGACGUGGGGGAGGGAGGGCGGAAAGAGCGAGAGAAAUCCAGGGCGUGGACGAGCGGGAUCUCUCCGGGGCGUGGACGAGCGAGGCGGGAUCUCGGUUGGAUUUAGGAGAGGAGAGGCGAGGGUAGAGGUAGAGAGCAGUGCGGGUUAGCAAUGGCGCACCCCCGAGCGGUGCGCCAUUAGAUUUUUUUUUGAUAGCAAUGGCGCAUCCCCAUGCAGUGCGCCAUUAGUAAUCUUAUUUUUAUAUAGCAAUGGCGCAUCCCAGAGAGGUGCGGCAUCAGUAAUCUUUUUUUUGGAUACCAAUGGCACACCCCAGAGAGGUGCACCAUUAGUAAUAUAUUUUUUGGAUAGCAAUGGCGCUCGGAGGGAGGGAGGGGGUGGGUGGUGCGCUCGACCGAUUCCGUUCGGGGGAACCGAGCGAGGAGACAGGGGAGGGUGAGGGGGGUCGGCGGCGGCGGUGGAGCGGGGGAGGGUGCUGGGGGUCAUCGGCGGCGGUGGAGCGGGGGAGGGUGCGGGGGAGGGUGCUCGUGGUGCGCCAUUAGUAGUUCUGUAAAAAAAAUAGUAAUGGCGCACCACCUACGAAUGCGCCAUUAGUGACCCUGGUUACUAAUGGCGCACCUCCUCUUGUGCGCCAUUAGUAGUUCUGUAAAAAGAACUUAGUAGUGGCGCACCACCAACAGAUGCGCCAUUAGUAACACUGGUUACUAAUGGCGCACUAGCUUUGGUGCGCCAUUAGUAGUUUGCAAAAAAAAACCAAUUUUUUUUAUAGUAGUGGCGCACUACUAACAGAUGCGCCAUUACUAACCAGGUUACUAAUGGCGCACCACGUGCUGGUGCGCCAUUAGUAGCCACCACACUAAUGGCACACCUCACAUGGUGCACCAUUACUAUAUAGUAGUGGCGCACUGCUUGUGUGGUGCGCCAUUAGUAUCUAUAUCAUCUAUAUCCCUUUUCCUAGUAGUGGAGGGGCCAAGUCUGCGCUCUAUCUACCCCUCCUCCUAUAUAUAGAGAGGGAGAUAGAGGGCAGUACCACCCCAAGGCAUUUCUCCUCCGAAAAGCAUCUGCGGCAACGCUUGGCGAAGCCCUCUUGAGAUCGCACCACCACUGCCGCCACCAUGCCGUUGUGCUACCCGAGAACUCAUCUACAAGUUCAGCCAUGCUUGCUGAAUCGAGAUCAUGAAGACGUCAUCGUGUUGUACGUGUGCUGAACGCAGAGGUGCCGUCUGUUCGGCACUUGAUCGGAACGAUCGUGACUUGAUCGCGAAGACGUUCGACUACAUCAAGCACGUUUCACAACGCUUUCACUUAGCGAACUACAUGGGUAUGUAGAUGCACCCCUCUCGUAGAUGCUGAUGUCCAUAGAUUGAUCUUGGUGAGCAUAGGAAUUUUUUUGUUUCCCUGCAAUGUUCCCCAAUAGUGGCAUCAUGAGCAAGGUCUAUGCGUAGAUAACAUGCACGAAUAGAACACAAAAGAGUUUGUGGGCAUUGAUAUUCAGAUUGCUUACUUCCUUAGUCUUACUUUGAUUCGGCAACAGUGUGGGAUAAAGAGGCUCAGACCAACCUUACUCGUCCAUGUACAAGAGACCGGUUCCUUCGAGUGACAUGCAACUUGUUGCGUAAACAUGGCUGGCGGGUGUCUAUCUCUCCCACUUUAGUUGAACCGGAUUCGACAGAGGCGGUCCUUGGNGUUUCACAACGCUUUCACUUAGCGAACUACAUGGGUAUGUAGAUGCACCCCUCUCGUAGAUGCUGAUGUCCAUAGAUUGAUCUUGGUGAGCAUAGGAAUUUUUUUGUUUCCCUGCAAUGUUCCCCAAUAGUGGCAUCAUGAGCAAGGUCUAUGCGUAGAUAACAUGCACGAAUAGAACACAAAAGAGUUUGUGGGCAUUGAUAUUCAGAUUGCUUACUUCCUUAGUCUUACUUUGAUUCGGCAACAGUGUGGGAUAAAGAGGCUCAGACCAACCUUACUCGUCCAUGUACAAGAGACCGGUUCCUUCGAGUGACAUGCAACUUGUUGCGUAAACAUGGCUGGCGGGUGUCUAUCUCUCCCACUUUAGUUGAACCGGAUUCGACAGAGGCGGUCCUUGGAGAAGGUUAAAUAGAAACUUGAAUAUCACUGUUGUGGCUUUGCGUAGGUAACAACGGUUCUUGCUAGUGACCCACAGCAGCCACGUAAAACAUGCAACAACAAGUAUAGGACGUCUAACUUGCUUUUGCAGGGCAUGUUGUGAUAUGAUAUGGCUAAUGACAUGAUGAUAUAUAUGUGAUGUAUGAUAUGAUCAUGUUUUCUAUAAAAUUACCAUGACUUGCAUGUCGAUGAGUACGGUAACCGCAGGAGCCAUAGGGUUGUCUUUAAUCAUUUGUGCAUUUUUUCUUUACUUGGUCGCUAUGAGUUAGCAAUAGUGGUAGAAGCAUAGUUGGUGCAACAGCCCCGAUGGCGACACGAUCAUGAUUAUCAUGAUGAUGAGGAUCAUGGUGUCAUGCGGGUGAUGAUGGAGAUCAUGCCGGUGCUUUGGAGAUGGAGGUCAAAAGCACAAGAUGAUGACGACCAAACCAUGUCAUCAUUACGAUUUACAUGUGAUGUUAAUCCUUUUAUGCAUAUAAUUUUGCUUAGGAUGACAAUAGCAUUAUAAGAUGACCCCUCACUAAAAUUUCAAUAUAAAAUUGUGUUCUCCCCAAGUGUGCACCAUUACGAAGGAUCUUCGUUACGAAGCAACACGUGAUGAUCGAGUGUGAUAGACUCUACGUUCGCAUACAACGGGUGUAAGCCAAUUUUGCAUGUGCACAACACUUGGGUUAAACUUCAUGGUCCUAACAUGUACAGACAUGGCCUCGGAAUACAGGAGACCGAAAGGUCAAACAUGAUCAUAUAAUAGAUAUGAUAAAGUUCACCAUUGAAACCACCUCAUCUCACGUGAUGAUUGGACUUGAGUUGGUGAAUUUGGAUCAUAUCACACUCAAACAACCUAAGGGAUGUCAAUUUGAGUGGGAGUUAUUAAGUAAUAUGAUUAAUUGAACCCAUUAUCAUGAACAUAGUCUAAGUUGUCUUUGCAAAUUAUGUUGUAGAUCAAUGGCUCGCGCAGUAGUUCCCCUCAUAGAGAAACCUAAGCUAAAAUAUGAUGGAAGCAACUAUGCGGAUUGGGUAUCUGAGGAUUAUCCUUACGGCUUCGCAAAAGGCUUAUGUCCUUGAUGCAUAGCUUGAGGGAACACCCCCUAGUGUCAGCAGAUGUUGUGAACUGUAACGCCCAACAUGCGAUUCUAUCCUUGUUUUGGCACGAGGGCCUCAACAAGGAUAGAAGCACAUAUCUUUGUUUCGCAAGAAUGAAUAUCGUUACAAGUACAUGUACUAAAAACAUAAGUAUAAGGAAUUGGCUUACACUCGCCAUAAGCUACAUCAAUAUCACAUUAAUACAACAAUACACAAUCAUCUUGCAAAAGAGGAGGGUCCAAUUACGGACGAAAACAAACGAUAAAAGAACGACGUCCAUCCUUGUUAUCCCAGGAUGUCGACCUGGAACCCAUCCUAGAUCGGUGAUGAAGAAGAAGAAACUCCAAAUAGCACAAUCAGCGCGGUCACGUCGUAAUAUCACCUUACAUGUACCUACAACUGGUGUUGUAGUAAUCUGUGAGCCACAGGGACUCAGCAAUCUCAUUUCCGAAGGUAUCAAGACUAGCAAAGCUUAACGGGUGAGUUAUGGUUAAGUGGUGAGGCUGCAACAAGCGACUAAGCAUUUAUUUGAGGUGGCUAGCUUAUGAGUACAUGUGGCGAGUGUAAGCCAACUCUUUAUACUCAUCUUUUCGGUACAUGUACUUGUAACGAUAUCCAUUCUUACGAAAUGACGAGAUGCGUUUCUAUCCCUGUCCAGGCCCUCGCGCCAAAAUAAGGAUAUGACCGCAUCUUGGGUGUUACAAGUUGGUAUCAGAGCAGUACGGACCUAGGAGCCCCCUUGAUUGAUCGAACAUGGCCGAGUCGAGUCUGGUGAAAAAUUGCUUUGAGUCUUGUUAUAUACCGGAGAGUAGGAUUCUUUUUUCUCCUCUUCUAUGCUCUCGUGAGGAAUCUUGACGUAAUAAUUUAAUUCUACUCCUCUUCUCACUCAAAAAAAUUAGGAUCACGUGGAUAUUUUUGGAAUCUAUAUGAUGUCGAUGUGACGGAAUUCUGACUUGGUGCCUCCUGCUGUGUUGAUUUUAUUCCGGGGAGUUGAGCUCCAGGGGAUUCUUGAGCACAUCGUUAUCAUUUAGAUUUCUUAGGAUGGAGGAUGUUCGAAAUUGCUUCAAUACUAGUAGUGGUGAGAUAACCCCGGCAUCCCCAAUACUGGUGCAGAGAGUUCAGGGGUACUGCCAUACUUAGUAUCAUGGUGUUUUUGAGGAUCUGAGAUAGAUGAGUUUCCGAGAUCUCUGGUUAUGUGUUGAUGGAUGUGAGACACUAGACGGGUAGUGUUAUUGCUAGGAGUUGAGUGAUGGAUUUUCUCCUUGAAUCCGUGGACCCGAUUCCAUGACGAUAAUAUUUCAGGAGUUCUUAGGUUGGAAUUCAAGUAGUUACUUAUAGGACAAUCUUCAAACAAAUGCAUGAUGUGAGGUUGGGGUUCGAAAUCUAGUGGAUUCAUUUGUUCACGGUCAUCUUACAGUGGUUCUAGUUGUGUCUUAAAGAGUACUUGUAGCUUCCUACGACUCGGGGACGCUUCGUAUGUCGUUUGCACUCCCUUGUACAUGAUGGCUACUCUAGGAUUCACGAAAAUAUCAGAUGAAAUCUGUGUCAUGAAUUUGUUCCGGCUUGUUUUGGUAAGCCUCAACCUUUGUUUUUUUGGAGUAUGGUAAUUCGAGUUGCUUCGAUUUUAAGUGGUGAAUUCAAAUCUUUCCAAGAGGUCUUCUCAUAUUUUUAGGGGAAUGCAAAAUAUUUUGCUCAAUCAAGUUGUGUUUUCAAUUCUUGCCAGCCGGAGUCAGCGUGACAAUUCUUUUUCAUCCGGUGUGCUUCUCUUCAAUUGAAUUCAACCAUCUCCAAUAUUUUGGAAGAUCAAUCUCUCAUUUCCUGCCCACCCGCCCUUUUCUUUAUUAUUCAAUUCUCAUCCAAGUGUCUUCUUUUCAGUGUUUCUUCUGCUAUCUUUUCUUUUAUUUUGUUCCCGGUGAUUCUUUGUGAAGAUUCUCGGGAGUUUUGAGCUCAUCAUUUCUUCAUUUUGUUUUCUCCCCGGUGGAGUCAAUUCAAGAUUUUGGUGUCAUCAUAUCCUUUUCACCCUUUAAAUUAUUUCCCAUGUUUGUAAUUCAUAUCAAGUCUUUCUUGUUUUUCAUCUCCCUCUAUUCUAUCCAGAGUGUUCAAGAUAUCUGAGAAGUUUCUUGUUUUCAAUUCUUUCAAUCAUUUUGAGGGUCUCACCUCAUCAAGUUUUCAUUCAUACCGGUGCAAUAUCUCCCUUCCUAAGCAAUCCUUUCAAAGGUGUUUUCUUUUAGUGGGCCCAUAACCCACAAGUUCUUCCCAGGAUCUUACGUGACUCUUCUAAUCUUUUUCUUGAGAUCUCUAAUUCUUCUCAAUUAUGGCGUAUAAGUAUGAAUUUCAUCAGUCAUAUUCCUUCUCCAAGAUUGCUUCAAAAUUAAUUCUCAUCAUUGGUCCAUUCUCUUGAAGAUUCAUCAUUUCAACUUUGUGUUAUCAUCUUGAAUUGUUCUCGAUCAUGAGAAAUUACUUCCAUAUCUAUUCGGUGCAUUUCAGUGUUGUGUUCAUUUCUCGAUCCUCCGAAGGCCAUCAUUUCCGAAGAUUUCUUCGUUCUCAACUUUCAUCUUUCAUCCUCAAAUUCUUCUCAAUGGUUGUCUCUUCAUUCGUCUCUCAAUUAUUCCAGUGCCUCAUUCAAGUUUUCUGUUAGGCGGCUGAGGAUCUCUUCAUUCUCUAGGUGUUCUUCAAGAUUCUUGUGGUAGUACCUCAAGUAUUCUAUCUCUUGCAUUUCAAAGAGCAAUGCUUCCUCCAUUAUCCUUUUUGGUGGUGUUAUAGCAUUCUUGCUAGUGGAGGAGCCUCGAAGGAAGUUUUUUAAAGAAUGAGAUAUGUAAACCCACUAAUCCUUUGAUCAUGAGAUUAUUUUUAACCCAUGGUUUCUUCAUUGAGCUAUAAUAGAUUAGUAGAUGAGUUCUCAGGUAGCACGACGACAUGGUGACGGUGGUGGUGGUGCAAUUCAGCAGGGCUUUGCCAAGGCCUGACGCAGACGCGACGGGGGAGAAAACUGAUCUAGAGGGAGGGAGGUGCCGCCAAAGGCUUGGUGUGUGGCUGCCCUCCCUCUCCUCUCAUGUAUAUAAGGGGAAGGGAGGAGGAACUCGUCCCUAGGGUUUGCCCAAGGGGUGGGGGCGGUGGACUAGGAGGUUGGUUGCCACUCAAGCAAGGGUGGCGCCACCCCUAGGGCUUGCCCUUCCAACAACCUAGCCGGAUGGGCCUAGGUGGGCGGGGUGCCCAGCCCACAAGGGGCUUGUGCGCACCCUUCUCAACCCAUCUGGCCCCUCUGGGGUAGGUGGGCCGCUUCCGAUGGACCCGAGAACCAUUCCGACACUCCUUGUACUCUCCCGGCAAUGCCCGAAUUCUUUUCGGUGACCAAAACCGAAUUUCCUAUAUAUAGGUCAUUACCUCCGAAACAUUCCAAAGAUCCUCGUCAUGUCUGAGAUCACAUCCGGGACCACGAAUAACAUUCGGCUACCAACAUACAUAACUCAACAAUACUAUAUCGUCAUCGAACGUUAAGCGUGCGGACCCUAUGGGUUCGGGAACUAUGCACACAUGACCGAGACACCUCUACGGUCAAUAACCAAUAGCAGGACCUGGAUGCCCAUAUUUGUUCAUACAUAUUCCACGAAGAUCUUUAUGAGUCAAACCACGAUGCCAAGGAUUCAAUCAAUCAUGUAUGCAAUUCCCUUUUUCCAGCGGUAUGUUACUUGCCCGUUAUUUGAUCACUGGUAUCUCUAUACCUAGAUCAAUCUUGCUACUCGCAAGUCUCUUUACUCAUUCCGUAAUACACGAUCACAUGACUAACUCCUUAAUCACAUUACUUGCAAGCUUCAUGUGAUGUUGUACUACCAUGAGGGCCGAGAGAUACCUCUCCGUCAUAGGAAGUGAAAAAUCCCAGUCUUGAUCCAUGCCAACCCAACAGACACCCUCGGUGAUACCUGUAGAGCAUCUUUAUGAUCAUCCAGUUAUGAAGAGAUGUUUGAUAUAUACAAGGCAUUCCUAUGGUGUCAGGGAGUUGCAUGAUCUCAUGGUCUUAGGAAAUGAUACUUGACAUGUAGAAAGCAGUAGCAAUAAACUUAAUGAUAUGAUCAGAUGCUAUGCUUACAGUUGGUUCUUGUCCAUCACAUCAUUGUCCUAAUGGUGUGAUCCUGUUAUCAGAUAACAACUCAUGUCUAUGGUUGGGAAAUCUUAAUCAUCUUUGAUCAACGAUCCAGUCUAUUAGAGGUUUACUAUGGACACGGUGUUGUGUAUGUAUCCACACAUGUAUCUGAGUGUCCAAUCAAUACAAUUAUAGCAUGGAUAAUAAAUGAUUAUCAUGAAGAAGGAAGUAUGAUAAUAAUCACUUUAUUAUUGUCUCUAGAACAUAUUACAACAUAUCCUUCUAUCCAUGUGCGGCUGUCAUCCUCAUGAAGAAGCACUUGGGGGUUGUGCCAAGCCUACAUAGCCUUGGAGGAAGACCGGGUGGGAUCCAUGCCGGAACAACAUCGUCGGGGGACGCGUUCAUGCGUCGUCGCUGCCACAACGUCCCCAUCACAUUCUCUGUGAUGGGUUGUAACAACUCUUGAACCCCUUUAUAUGUGAUGUUAUUUGAGUAAUUCUUGGCUAUGGGUCGGUUCGCUAGUAAGCAUUUAUUUGAUAUGCGUUGUCUAUUUAUGUCUUCCAUAUUCAUGAUAUUAUUUACCCUUGCGGUAAUUUUGCGAUUGGAGUCCUAUGACCCAUUAGUGUAGUUGGAGACAUUCAACUCCCUAGAUCACACAUGAAGUUGAUAGAUAGUUGUGCAUAUCGAGAAAACUCCGGGUGAUAGGCAUCGAUAUCUUAAGGGGAACAUAAUUACCGAGGGAUCAUGGUUGUCCAUAGAACUUAUUGCCUUCGGUCCACGUCUUAUUAUAUUAAUGUGUUUUCCAUUGUCCACUCGCGGUAUGGGAUGGAAAAUAGGAAGAUUGAGUUGUCUCAAUACGAUGAUGCUUGAGAGACAAUGUUAUGUGAAGGACCGCCCACCAUUGAUCAAUUGCCUUAUCGUAUAAUGCAAGGUACAUAAUUAAUUGUAGGUUUUAACAUUUGAGAUAUAUAUAAUUUUUGUCCUACCCAUUAAUGUUUAAAACAAGGUAUGGAGUAUCUCAACUCGAUUAUCACACAGAGUUGUCAUAAAGUUGAGAUAUAGAGCUUUUCUUUUCGUUCCUGCACACAUAGUUGAAAAACUCACAUCAAGGUCAAUGGACUACAAAAUGACUAUUGCCUCUGCCAAACGAGUCCUUGAUGCGCCGUUAUCUUUUAUCCCACAAAGGAGCUAGCCUGAUCAUGUCCAUGACAACCAGGAAGUCUUCAUGCACGUGCCCCUAAGUACCCGUGGACAUCGUCAUUGAAUCCCUGAAUUGGUUUGAAGAACCUGACACCAAAUAACGAUGUGCGUACGCACGCGAUAAAUCCUAACCUCGCUACCUGAGGCGCUGCAAGGAAUAUACGUUUGAGGUCCAUCUAAUCAUUCCUCGAGGUCGAACUUUGAGAGAAUCGGAUCCCGAAAGACUCACUCGAAGAAGAAUCGUAACCAUCCAUCUGAUACGUCUCCAACGUAUCCAUAAUUUUUGAUUGUUUCAUGCUAUUAUCAUGUCAAACUUUAGAAGUUUUGCAUGCCUUUUAUAUAUUUUUUGGACUAACUUAUUAACUCAGUGCCAAGUGCCAGUUCCUGUUUUUUCCAUGUUGUUGACCCCUUUUAGAGGAGGAUUUUGAACGGAGUCCAAACGGAAUAAAACUUCCAAAAAGAUUUUUUCCAGAACGGAAAAAGAUCGGGAGACUUGAGAACCAAGGCAGGGGGUCCUCUGGGACCCCACAAGCCCUCAUGGCGCGGCCAAGGGGGCCCGCGCCGUGCAGACUUGUGGGCUCCCUGGGCCACCUCUGCCCUAGGUUUUGCGCCUAUAUAUCCCCAGAAAUUCCACAAAGAAUCAGGAGAUCAUCGAAAGUACUUUUCCGCCGCCGCAAGCUUCUGUCUCCGCAAGAUCCCAUCUGGGGCACGUUCUGGUGCCCUGCCGGAGGGGGGAUUGGGACACGGAGGGAUUCUUCAUCAACACCAGGACCUCUCCGAUGAUGCGUGAGUAGUUCACCAUAGACCUACGGGUCCAUAGCUAGUAACUAGAUGGCUUCUUCUCUCUCUUGGAUCUUCAAUACAAAGUUCUCCAUGAUCUUCAUGGAGAUUUAUCCGAUGUAAUCUUCUUUUGCGGUGUGUUUGUCGAGAUCUGAUGAAUUGUGGAUUUAUGUUCAGAUUGUCUAUGAAUCUUAUUUGAGUUUCUUCUGAUCUCUCUUAUGCAUGAUUUCAUAUCCUUGUAAUUCUCUUCGAGUUGUGGGUUUUGUCUAGCCAACUAGAUCUAUAAUUCUUGCAAUGGGAGAAGUGCUUGGUUUUGGGUUCAUACCGUGCGGUGACCUCACCCAGUGACUGAAGGGGUAGCGAGGCACGUAUCGUGUUGUUGCCAUCAAGGGUAAAAAGAUGGGGGUUUCUUCAUUGGUUUGAGAUUAUCUCUCUACAUCAUGUCAUCUUGCUUAAGGCGUUACUCUGUUCGCCAUGAACUCAAUACACUAGAUGCAUGCUGGAUAGCGGUCGAUGUGUGGAGUAAUAGUAGUAGAAUUAAAGGAGGAUCUGCCGUCGUCGUGAUGGUUCGACCACCUCUCCCCAGCCUAUCGAUACCUCCUUCCUCGCAGGCAGGCACAUCCUCCCGCUCCCGCUUCCUCCCACUGAUUUUCUCUAAUUAUACCCUGCAGAAAACCAGCAAGGAACCGACCGGUUCAUUGUGAGAAACCAGCCCAUGUUUUUGCUAAAAAAAGGAAAAACAGAACCCCCUCCCACGUCCCACGAGUGACACGUACCGCCCACCUCCAGCCCCUCGCUCGGUCGCUCCCGAUCCCCCAUCUCUUUCCUCUCCCCGUUCAUCGAAGCCGAUGCGCCGCCCUGCCCCAUGCGUCACCUGGCCGGCCUCGAUCUUGACUCGUCGCCGCUCCCCCUAGAGUAGAAGCACUCUGAGGUCGACGGCGUUUCUCUGCUUUGUCCUUGGAACGCAGGUGCCUCAAGGACGAUCCAUGCAUGGUUUCAUCGGGGAGCCCGGCAACGGCGUCACCGACAAGGCACCGAGGUUACGCAGCAGUAAGGCCCAUCCCUGGGUUGAGCUCACCCCCGUCACCGCCGGUGGCGCCGCUUGCCCACGCCCCCGCCGGUGCCGCCGCUUGCCCACGCCCCCGGAUGGAGAAGCUCGUCGCAACUGGAGGUCGUUCCAACAUCCAUGUGCUCUGUACUCUUAGGUUGUAAUUCUGAUGUUGUUUGUAACUAACAAAAAUAUGCUCUCUUCUAUGCACAUAAAAGUAGCCCAGGAUGCAUCGAGCUGCCAGACCUGAACACAGUUUGGCGCAUCAAAACUGAGGGGUAAUACAAUCUUUUUCAUAUGCCUUCUUUCCCAAAACCGAAGCAUCAAGUUUUCUAUCUGCUGCUAUUUUCCUCUUCUUCGUAAGCAAAUGCUGGCUUUUCUAUCCUUUUUCUUAUCUCUCGAGUUCGGUAAGAGAUGAAUCAUGAAGGAACAAAGAGAGUUCCUUCUGCCUGGAGUAUGAGAAAAAGGAGAGAACACAUGAAUCCACUUGUUUCACUAUACAUUAUGAGUUUAAAUUGGUCCGUUUACAUGUUGCAGUUGACCAAGUAGAAUGACAACAUAGGGAGAGGUCUGGAUGUACUCUAAUAAUAUGUGCUCCUAGGAGGGUCUGGUUGUAGCUGGCUGCUUUUUCUCAAUGCCCAGGUUCCACAUCGUACGCUUACCACUUAUUUGUUCUAAUGGAGUAGAUUGAAUAUAUUUGUGUUUCUACCUAAACUAAUAGAAUAGUGUAUUAGAUCCGGGCUACACAUCUUUGGUGCGUAGUGGGGGUGAGCUAUUGUAUUUCCUGAGGACUGAACGGUUCUCAAUUGUUAAGCUGGAAUCCUGCUUUGGAUUAUAUUAAAUCUUUACUACCUCGUGUGCUUCUUUUGUUAUAUUAUUUUUUCAUCUACCUUGUGUGCGUAGUGCUCUUACUGACAUGAGUUGGAACUUUUGUUAUCAUCUGCUCUACAGGAUAUACUGGACAAUCUAGAAUUUGCAAAGGGGGGUGCAGAAUCAACAUGAGGUUCUGUUAGAGCUGCAAUGGGGCGUCCUGAACCAUUCCCAGUCAAAUAUGUUGCAAUUGGAAAUGAAGAUUGUGGGAAAGAAAAUUACCAUGGUAAAUCUUCAACUGAAAUCCAUUCCACACUCAAGUCUUUUUUGUGGUAAUCUGCACACUUAAAGCCCUGCGCACAGUAUUAACAUAUACAAUUGAGGAGCAGGAAGCAUAGCUGGGCCAUGAUAUAUAUGUGUUAAAAUAAGUAACAUAUGCAAUCAAACAAAAACAAUAUGUGAUUUCGUGCUUGCUCGCCGAGAGUCACAUUUGUUCAUAUGAAAAAUCACAAGAUUAUAUUAGCGUGCAACAUGCAUCAUGUACAUAAUUUGAAUUUGUCUGACCUACUCAUAUAAGCUGACAAUCUCAUUUUAUAAUCAUCCAUUCAAUUUUCUGUCACACAUUUCUAAGUAUACGGAGGAGGGGGAUAUCAAGUCAAAAGUUUUUGAUGAGGCCAUGUUUCUCAUUCUAGGAUUUUUCAGGCCGAGCAGUGCUUAUAUAUAUCAUAUAGAAAUCCCUUAAACUUAAGAGAAUAUGUACUCAUCAUCAGAGUGGUCUGAUCGCGCGAAGAAAACUUUACAUCCAUCUGAUAAUGGGGAGAUUACUGUCCAGUGUCUUAUGGUACAUAGCAAUGAUCGCCUUUCUAAGGUCCCAAGGUUUAGAUUCAGUGAAUAUGAUUCAUUCUAGCGCUGACCAAAUAGUGAUAUUGUGGAUUAAUGUUCUCCUAUUUUAAGAGCAUUAUGUACCCGAGAUAAACCGAUAUGCCCGCAACUGCUAAGAAAACACGAAAGUGGUUAUGUGCCCCUUAAUUAUUUUGGUUGAUUUUGCAUGUAAAGUGUUUCUAUCUUAUCAUAACUCCCUAUUAUAGUGUAUAAAUUUUACUUGAACUAUAGAGAACCCAACUAUUUUCUACUGAUAUAAUAUGUCUUUAGAUACAUGACAUUCUCUAAUUCUAUUGAACAGGUAAAUGCCUUAAGUUCUGCAAUGCUAUAAAACAGGCAUAUCUAGACAUCCUGAUGAUUUCAAAUUGUGAUGGUUCAUCUACACCACUUGACCAUCCUGCUGAUUUGUAUGAUUUCCAUGUACGCUACUUGCUACCAGAUCUAUUUGCCUUCCUUGUUGUAUAGAUCCUAUAAUCUUAUCUCAUGUUUUGUCACCGAGGUCGAGUAAACUCAAGUUUUUUUCUGAGAUCUUGAGGAUGCUUCUUCUUUUUAGGUAUAUACCUCUCGUAGUGGGUCCAAGGUCGUAUGGUUCCUUAUCAUUUCAUAUACGAUUAAAACUGUAAGAAUAUUAGAUCGAUGUAUUUUUUCGGGACCAUGCAAGAAAAGUGCAUUUGAUCAUUAUAGAAGAAAUAAUAGUAUCUAAUCUCAUAUUACAAAAUCUCAAAAGAAAAUAACGACCUCAUCACAGAGAAGUAAAAUCAAGCUGCCCCAUCACAGAGAAGUGCUUGAACGCAAUAUGCUCCUCCUCCGUCAUUUGAAGGAUAUAUGAAAACUUUCAUGAGAAUUGACAUGAAGGUCAAACAUUUUGUAGUAGAUAUACCUCCUCUAUAGAUCUUUUUUUUCUUCAGGUUUGGGAGUAGUCUAUGCCUUCAGCGAGAGUAUAUUUUCUAGAAAAUAAGAAUUAAUUAUUUCAUUUUUAUACUCACCAGAGUUCAUGUUUCCCACUUUUUCAGUUGUGAGACGAACUUUUUCAUUUUCCCUUCAUAUAGCGAUAGGAGGUAUUGCUUAAGUCUCCUUUGAACUAUAUCAUAAAAAGAGAUUGACACAAAGUAAACAAACGUAUGUUUUCGAAGCUAAUAUUUCCUACUAUUUUGUUGUUUGUUUUUCCGGCAUCCCCCUUGAAACAAUGCUAUGGAUACUUCUUUUGGUGUUGAGUCGACUUCAGUUUCAGUAUCUACUCACCGGAAAAUUGAUAUCACUGUUUUAUGAAGAAAGAAUGAUAUCAAUAAGAGUACAAGGUUAGAGACAAAGACAAAGAUAGACAUUCUUAAGAACAUGUAUUGUAUGUUAGGAAGACAACAUGUUUGCAAACAUUGGGUAAAAAGAUUAGAAAGACAUCUAGAUAUAUAUUUUCUACUCCAUGGCAACGCAGGGGUGUUUACCUACUGUAUUUAGCUCAUCCCUGGGUAUUUAGAAAGACAUCUAGAUAACUGAGCUGGACUCUAAGGUCAAUCAGCUCCAAGAUGAGUUGAAGAAGACAAAGGAACGGCUGAGCGGAUCUGAGUCAUGAAGGCGCCAAGCACAGCAGGAGGAUGAUGAAGCAAAGAAGCAGGGGCAGGAUGCAUCAUCGAAGCUGGAGGAGUCGCAGUGCCAGCUUGUUGAGCUCUCAGCAGCAAAGGAAUCCCAUCUCCAGGAGCGGCGCAAGAUCCAACAGGAGCGUGAUCGCACCUGGUAGGCCGAGCUUGAGGCAUUGCAGAAAUAGCACUCCGCGGAUGCUCCUGCACUUAGCUCGGUGUUGUCCAAGAUCCUGAGGCUGAAGUUGCAGUGGGAGGUGACAGUUCACCAUAUUCGUUUGAUACAGCCAGUGCCCAGCAACGUGAGCAUGCAGAAUCUAAGCUUGAAGCGCUGGAGCAGGAGACGGAGCUCAGGCUUGCAACGAUUGAAGGCCUGAAGGUAAAUGUCAAUGAAAGUGACAAGGCUGCAGCUAAUGCAAAUGCCAUGGCACCUGAGACCAAGCUACAGCUUGAGACCGCAAAGGCCACCAUUGACUCACUCCUAUGUGAGGGUGUCUGGUUGUAGGAAUGCCUGAGGUCAAAGGACAUAGAGCUCAGUAAGUCUAAUCUGAAGGAGGCUCAGGCUGCAGGUGAUGAAAUUCGGAAUGAGGCAUAGGCAGGCAAUGCCAAUCGUGGCUUUGGCAGUCCAUUGACUGAAGUUUUGAAAAGAGCCCUCAUCCCACCAGUGACAUGAAUGGAAGAUGUCGAAGUCCUGACCUAGAGAUUGAGCCCUUGGCCCUUGCGGAUGGCGCUUGAGGUGGCUAAGAUGAGGUACCAGGAGGAGCAAACUGGGAUGGCCUUCGAGACAAAGACAGUCUAUGAGAUGCUGGAGUGUGUCAAGUCUGAGUGCAUGCGCCAAGUGUGUGAUAUCGAGCUCAAGCUGAAGAGCAAGACUAAUGAGCUCAUGGCAGCGUAGGCAGCCCUAACAGGCAAGGCGCAAGAGGACCUUCACAGGUCACACGGGCUGAGCGAAAUGCAGCCGGAGCUGGAGGCGAAGCUGAUGAAGUCGAUCACCGACAUCGCAGAGCUCAAGGCGAAUCUGAUGGACAAGGAAAACACGUUGCAGAGCCUGUCGGAGGAGAACGAGACCCUCAAGUCGGAGGCUGGAAGGAAGGAGGCCGGCGUGCAGCAGCUGGAGCAGGACGUGCGGAUGCGGCUCGGGUACGUGACAGAGGAGGCCAACAAGAGGAACCGGCGCGCAGCCUGGGCCUUGGAGCAGGUGGACGCGGCCCAGGCAGCGAGCGCUGAGGCGGACGCGGAGCUGCGCUGGUUGCGUGUGCGGUCCGACCAGUGGCGCAAGGCCGCGGAGGCCACCGCCGCCCUUACUGGCGGCGGCAACAAUGGUGGCCUGAUGGUGGAGAGGACCGAGUCGCUGGACACGGAGUACAAUGGGUCGAUAGGCGGAAAGCUAAUGGGGUAUGUACUAACAAAUAAGUAUUUUCGGGCGGAGGGAGUCUGUACUAACAAAUAAGUUCAUGAAAAUGUUAAUCCGGACUGAAACUAUUGCACCUUAAUUGGCAUGUAGGUCAAACCUGGCUUGUCUUGUGUAUGAAGGUUUUCUUACCUUGUUUGAUUGUUGGAGUCCUAUCUUAUGUACGAGUACUGAAUGGCCUUGCCUAGAGUCUGAGAGAUAGUCAAACUCUGAAUUUCCCUCUUGGUGGUAUCUUUUGUUUUCGUCCAGUACUAAUGAUAUGAAAUUUGUGAGAGCUGUAAAACAUCACGUUAGGUGUCCUUCCUUGUUCAAAGUUAAUUGUCAUUUUGAUAAUACUUUAGAAGAAUAAUGCAUGAUUUCUUCAACUGAGGCAUGAGUAAUCAGACGCUACAAACAUGGACAUUACAGUUGCAAAGUUUUUAUAUACUAACUUAAUUUAUAGACACUCCUUUCAGAUAGCUGCCCCUGUCAAUGGUCCAUUAUAUUUACAUUAUGGCUGAUUUGUGUUCUUAUGUGGAUCAUGCGACGUUGUGAAAAUGAGGUUUAAUGUUGUAUUUUUUUAAUAGGAGUUGCCAUGACAAAUGAAGAUGAUAUGUGUCACAAGUGCACACUUGAAGUUUGCCAUCAUGUUCUAACUUCUAUGCCCGGUGGCUGUGGAGGAACAAGUGUGUCGUGACAGGGUGGUGUUGGCAAUUGAGGUAUGAACCUAGAAAUUAAUCUUGGAGAUUGAUUGCCUCAUAAUGCUAGAUUGUGCUUGGAGGGUUGAAAUCGUGGUGGUUGCUGAAAAGGAAUUAUAAAAGGAAACGACAUGCAUCUGACGUUUGACACGUUUCUAAAAUAGUAUCCUUUCUUUAUGCGCAUGUAGCAUGAUAACAAUUAUGAACUACCAGGUGACUACCCCAUUCAAUUUGGCCUAGGACCUCUAGAUAUGGUCAUCAAUUGGUCAGUAGAAUUUAUAUUAGUAUAACACUAGGGUAGAAGCUCUUUUCCUAUUUUUCAUGCAUGGAGAUAGAGAAGACCAUGAUAUGAUGCACAAGAUUUUGACUAUUUUAAAGAAUAUUUUCUCAUUCUAACAUGUAAAUUGCAUUCACGCAGUUGCUUUGCGUUUGAACUAGCUCGCGGGCUUUUGUUAUAUGUGCUGACCACAUGAAGUUCCAAGUUUUUUCCCACUCGAGGGGAAUAUUGGGCGCUCUCACUACAGAUUUCUUACAGAAUGGGUAUGUUCGGGACUGAACAAAGAUUCAAGCUAAGACAACUAUUAUGUUAUUUUAGUUGGGUUCAUUUAGCUUUUAAAAACUAUUCCUUUAAAUAUAUGUCACAUUNUGCCACCGAUAGAUCAUUUAUACCAGAUAUUUUGUUUACAAAUGACGUGUUUAUUUUUAAUUGUUUACUCCUUUUUUAUAAGACAUGAAAGGGGGAACAGGAUUAUGUAAUAUAAGGAUAUGUAUACUAAUUUUUUUUUAUGGAAGAUAACAAGGAAAUUUAUGACUUAUAAAAUUAUAUUUUUUAUGUUUUAUUAUGUCACAAUUUGAGUUUUAGACUUUUUGAUAGUUUUGACUAAGUAUAUAAUAAUCUAUACGUGUACUAGAAAUUAUAAAUGGUGGUCCGAGUGAGGUAUCAUUUUUUCUAAAUCUAGGCAACCAAAUUUGUUCAAUAUCAACUGCUUGAUUUCUUUAUAUCCUCUUCUUUCGCCCACUAUUGAAACAUACAUUGGUCGAGAUAACUUAGGGAAGAGGGAGUUGUUGAACCAUGUCUGUAGGCCGACAGCGACGACGAGCGUGGUGAUUGUGAUGGGGUGCAACGAGGACAUCCGCGCGUGCCAAUAGCUGCUUCACGUCCCACGAGUUCUUUUGUACCUAAGCGUACACAGACCAUGUGACGGAGAGAGGUCGGAUUUAGACGACUGGAGAUGCCGAUCGAGGUAGGUCGGGUGAGGCGCAAGAGAGUGGUAUACCAUGUCGUUAUGCCCUCGAUGGACUGUGCCAUGGAGAACGCGAGAACCCGCAUUCCCGGUGAGCCGAAUCGCCCACUCCCGCGGUGGCAGCACGGGGCAUGGCGUCGUAGUGGGGAUCACAAGGCAAGAUGAGAUGGACAUGAUCUCGGUCCUGUCGAUGCAGGCGAGGGCAACGGUUGGGUCGAGGGACUCCCAAUCUCGUCGAUGCGACAGAGGCCAUCGUCCAUGAGUAGCCUGGGCUUGAGCGCGAGGAGGCUGGCGAGCAUGAUAAAUGGCCGCUUGCGUGUACGUCACGGCGGGGAGGACCAAGGGGAGCUCUAGGAGUGGACGGCGGCCAGGAACACGAGGGAGAGCGGCUGCUUUGGGGUGGACAGCUGUCGCGAUUUUUUCAAGAGAUAGAUCGGAUUGGGAGGAGCGAGGGUGCGUGGUCAUUGCUUUUUGCAUGCCAAGAUGAUGUGCGGGUAGCCAGAUCGUGAGGGUGGAGGUCGACUGAACCAUCCCGUUUGUUCGCUGGGCUUUUUCUACGUGGAUCGAAUGAGGCGUGGGUAGCUAUCGCGUAGGAAGGGAGGUGAGGAUUGAUACAAAGGGUGAGCGGUAACCCAACGAGGUUAAACCAUCACGACGACUGCACAUCCCUCUUUUGGAAUUCCUUCUUUCUAUGUCUGCUGAAAAAUUAUUACCCUCGGUUCUUUACAUUAUUCGGUCUUGAACCAUUUUUGUAUGGUGCGUGUUUUGGCCGAAGUGAAGUUACGUUUUAAUGAAAUAUUUCUUUAACAUGAGCAAUGGUCCUUGCUUUUUAUGGCCUGUUGAUCUCUGUGCUCAUGAUACAAAUGUAAAUGAUUCUUUUGAUUGACAUAGGCCUAUUAAUCACAAACCAAACUGCAAACUCCAUUCAUGUACAAAUAUUACUUUCAUGAUUCAUAAAUCAUUUUUGUAAACUAUUAGUUUAUCAUGGUCAAAAAAUAGGGUGUAUCGUCAUGAUUUCGGUGUACUGUUUUAAAAUUGUCGCAAAAUGCAAGAGCUAGGGGGACAAGUACUCACACUCUCAGCUUCUCUACAAAUGUAAGUCUGUUGGAAAGACAAAGACAUGUGAUAUUAAGUUGGAAAGACAAAGACAUGCGGGUUUUUCAUGUGUACUUUCCAUUUAUGGCAUGAAUAACAUUAUGAAUAACUAUGUAUUGUACACAUGAGUCAAGCUUUUCGUAAUAUGCUUUUCUCUCACAUGAAGAGAAAACUUGUGAAAGUGCGUUAUAUCGACUAGAGGGGGGUGUAUAGGAGAUUUUUAGAAUUUCAUCAUUGAGGAAAUUCCUUUUGAGGAAAUUCCUCACUGAUGACUAACUUACAGCGGAAACAGUAAAGGAUCAGAAGUGCAAAGUUUCACAACAGCAGUUUUUUAGAGUGAAGAAUGUGAAAACAGAUUGCACUGUGAGCAGGCAUGCACAAUACAGAUGAGGAUUAAUUGACGUGAAGAAUUUGGGGUUGAGGAAAUUCAGAGAAAUUCUUCAGCAAAUUCUUCAAACAGUCUCACUGAAAGUCAUCAACACAUAACACGAGGAAAGUAAGGAGUUGAGGAAUUAGAACCCGUUUCUCAGUGAAGACAGUCGUUGAUGACCCAGUUCCAACUGCUGUGACAGUCGUACAUCUGUUUGGAGCGGCUUGGUAUUGAAACCAAAGGACACACAGUCCCGGGACACACAGUCUCUACCGUAUUCUCCUUGAGCUAAGGACAGACAGUCCUCGCCCAACAAUCGUGGUAAGUCUUCAGGGCAGACUUCCAAACCCUCACAGACUUGGUCACCCGGCGAUCCACAAUUGACUGCUGGAAAGCUCUAGACCAUGACGCCUAACCGUCUGGAGGAUGCACAGUCCUCAAAGGUAAAAGGCUUCAGUCCCACACAGGAACAACUUCUUCAGUGAUGCUCAAUCACCAGGUUUGGUUUGUGGUUUCGGUGUAUGGGGUAUUUCCUCACUGAUGAAUUACUCUUUAAGAAUCUGAGGAAUUGGGUUGCUCUUAUGACAAGUGUCAGUUUCUAACGGAGCAGCCAACCAGCUAGUGGUUGUGGGGGGUGGCUAUCUAUAGCCUGGGAGCAUCCCGACAUGAUCUGACACUAAUGCCCUUAAAUAAUAUGACCGUUGGAGUGGAUAAGACCAAUGACUUGGCGUGGCUAUCGGAACGGUCGGAACCCUCAACUGGGAGAGUCCUCAUGUCAUUCGUAUUCCUCACUUGAGGCUUUUUGGUAGGAUUAGGCUUGAGAUGAGCAUCAUGAGGAAAUUCAUUCCAAAGUGUAACUUGGACCCCCUUUAACAGUACGAUGUUCCUAUUACUCAAAUGCGAAGAAAAUAAAACAGAAAGUGUAAAUCUUCAUGCUUCAAAUUCUUUAGAGUGAUUUUCUUCAGGACACACCGGACUUCUCAAUAUCAGUAUCUUCAUGAGGAAUAUCAAUUUCAUCGCAGAUUCUUCGCGAUUCAUUUCUUCAGCUUCAGACCAAUUUCUUCAACUGAAGACAUACAUUUUUAGGGGUCGAUAUUCUUCAAAUAUAUCAAACUCCUCAAUGACUUAUAGAUCAUGUGUACACUCACAAACACAUUAGAUACUUAACCUAUAAGUCUUCAAACCACCAAAAUCACUAAGGGGCACUAGAUGCACUUACAAUCUCCCCCUUUUUGGUGGUUGAUGACAAUUAGGUUAAGUGUUCAACAGGGAUCAAAAAUAUGAAGUGUAAAUACUCAUUUGCGGAAUUUGAAAUCAAGAUUCAGAGAGACUCCCCCUGAAGAUGUGCAUAUCUUGAGGAUUUUGCUUUUCACAGCAAAUGCACAUUGAUGAUUUAUAUCAUGGAGAUCUCCCCCUGAGUCUUGUAAAUCAUGCAUACAUAUAACAUAUCAUAUGAAGAAAAUGAAAAUGCAUGAUGACAGAUGGUAUCUGACGAAUUCCAGCAUGCAUGCAUUAAAACUUGAGGAAUAAGCAUGCGAAGAAAAACGUUCAAAAGCGUCAGAGUACCAUCGGGCUUAAGUUACAACUCAUUACAUAAAAACCUCAGAAGAGCCAAGAGUUUGUAACUUAAACAUAGUUCAUAAGCCCCAAAAAUAUCCCGCUUGAAGACUAACUCUCAAGUUUCUCCCCCUUUGUCAUCAAGUGACAAAAAGGGACAAACUGAGGACUAACGUCCGUGAAGAUUUCACUUUGUGGCAGUUGAGGAAGAGCAGUGAUGCUCCUUGGGAGUAGUCUUCUUCCUUGGACCGGUAGCAGUGUCGAGCUGUUCUUCAUCAGUUUCAGCAGUGCGGAAUGAAGAAAAGGAGUUGUCUUCAAGGUCUGGCACUGGAAUAGGUCUGAACUUCUUCUUGGGAGGCCACGACCAUUCAAAGUCUCGCUCAAAGUCCAUUUCUUCAAGCUCAGUCUGAGUCUUCAGAUGUGCAAGUGUAGCCUAUGUGCGAUAAAAAACCUCAUGCAGAUAGUGAUGGUUGAGCUUCACAGAGUUCUGUGUUUCAGUGAGGGUUUUCACAAUGGCGCCAAACUAGCGUUUGACCCAUUUGUGAUUGCGAUCCACCUUCUGGUGAAGACUAAGGAGGAGCUCUCUUGUAUUCAUCACGCGAGGAGGAACGGGGCUUGCCGGACAAGUCUCAGUAUCAUCCCAUGAAGAAUAAGCUUCUGGCUCUCUGAACUGGCCAUCAAGGGGCCUACUGCCUUCUUCAAUCACAGAUUUGCCUUUUCCUUCAAUGGACUCGAAAGUCUUCUUGUUGACCCAGAUAGGAGGCAUAUAACCAACAUGGUUUUGGAGAUCAGCGUGGAAGUUGAUGCCUGUCCUUGUCCUGAUGAAUCUCAUGAUCCAUGGGGCAUAUAUCUUGUGAUCAAAAGGACACAUAGCAUUGUCUGCCAAAGUCCUCAAGAAGAAAUUAUGGAUGUUGAUAGGAAUACCAUGGAUAAUGUUGAAGAGGAUAUUCUUCAUGAGGCCUACGACAUCUUCUUCAUCAUCAUGGCCUUUGAUCGGCGCGAGCACACUGCAGAGGAUUCUGUAAACAGAUCUGGGUGUGUACUUGAGAUCAUGGACGAGGAAGGUUGUUCUCGAAGGUUUUCCUUCAGCCAAAGGUUUCAUGAGGACUUCCAUCAUCCCAUUGGGUAGCUCACGCUCACCAUAAAGCUUCACAGCCUCAUCUGAGGGAAUUGGUAUAGGCAGUUCUCAGAGGAGUUCAGUAGCAGGAGCGUUGUAGUGAGUGUUUUGUGACAUCCAAUCAAACACCCAAGUGUUAAUGUCUUUAGGGUUGCCAGAUAUGUGAAGAGUGGCAUAGAACUAAAGAAUUAGCUCACUGUUCCAGUCAGAGAUGUCGGAGCACAUUGGGAGUAAACCAGCAUCAUGUAAUACACUGAGGACUGGCUCCAGGCACGGUAUUGCGUCAAGUUCAACAUGAGGAUUAUGCCUGUGCUGGAAUAUCUUGUUUCGUCCACAUAGCAUAGAGGCAUAGUAAUUCAUCUGAGUCCUAGUCCAAAACUUCAGAUGCCUCAUUUGAGGCUUGUCAUAGGGGUUCUCUCCAAUGAAGUACAUGCGUUCUUCAAAGAAAUUUUCCUUUUGAAACUUAGGACGCUUGGAGAAUGGCUGACGCUGAACUAGCUUAAGGUUUUGCUGAGGAACAGGAGGGGAGACAACAAUGGCAGUCUCUGGGUUGAGGACAACGAAUGCAUUGUCUUAGUCUGGUGCAUUUUCUUCAGCAUUUUCCUCAGGGUGAGGAAUUUCAGCAGCUGGUACUUCAGGCUGAGGAGAUGGUGCUGGCUGGGCAUCAGGAUGAGGGGCUUGCUCUGGCUGUGCAUCAGGCUGAGGAAUAGCUUCUUCUUGCUCAGUUGGAGGAGUUGGGUCAGCCUGUUCCUCAUCUUGAGGAUUUUGCUCAGAGCGUUGAACUUCAUCAGCAUGAGGAUUUUCAGUUUGUUCUUCCUCAGCUGGCUUGGUGGCAGAUGCAAUUUCAUCAGCUGGUGCAGCUGAUGCUUGAACAAUGUCUUUCUGAGGAAUGAAAGGCUGAGGACUGUCGUCUAUAUGAAUCUCCUUGUCAGUGUGUUCCUGAGAGGCGGUAUCCUUCAUUUCCUCAUCCACCCUUUUCGCUGGAUCAUCAAUGAUGUCCAUUUCAUAGGAAGGAGCGACAUUCAGGGGCACAUGGUCCAGAGGAGCAGUUUCUUCAAGUGCUUUGAGGCGCUUGGCCUCUGUUUCUUGUUCUGCUGAGGAGGCCUUUCUCUUUUUGGCUUCCUUCUCCGCAACCCUGGUUUUCUUCACGUUGAUGCAGACGGAGUCAUCUUCUUCACCGUUGAAGCUUUUGGUGAAGGGGUUCUCUUGACAGAUUCUUCAGCUGGUAUUGAGGAACCAGCUGGAUCAGAGUCAUCAGCUUGCUUUAGUGAAGCAGCUGGGUCAGGGGCAGUCUCAUCAGCUGCAGCAAAUUCAUCAGUAGGAGUUUCCAUGAUGAUUUCUUCAAUAGCCGGUUCAUCCACACGGCGUUCUUGGUGUACUUCCUUAGCUUGAGGAGUUUCCUCGUCAUGAGGAGAUUCAUCUGCUGGCUCCUCAAUUAGGGGCUGAGAAGUUGGUGAUGGGGGUGCAACCUUCUUAUUGUAAUCAUCAACAACACUAGUGGCCAGCUUGAUGAAAUUGCUUUUGAGACUCUUACGAUCUGACAGCUUGUAGUACUUGUCAGUCAAUUUCUUCAGCUCUGCUUGUGUUGAUACCAGUGCAUCAGGAGUCAAUUUGUGGAGAUUAUGCUUGAGGAAUUUCUCCUUUUUAAGCUUUGCAACUUUGGCCUGCUUGGCCUGCUGUUCUUUCCACUUGGCUUCAUUUAUGAAAGUGGUCACCAUGUGGCUGAUGCCAGGGGGAAGUUUCAAAUCAUCAAGCGGAGUGUUUGGGUCCUCAUACCAUAUGUUGAUGUAGUCAAGGAGGACCUUGGGGUCCAUUGCCAGAGGAAUGGCACUGCCUGAUGCUUGAUCUACUCUUUCCUGCUUGUUCCUGAUGAUGGCUUGAAGUGUUUGAUCAUCAAAUUCAUCACUGCCCUCUGAUGCAGACGGGACGGUGAUAAUUUUGCUGGGGCUUGGCAGAGUUGCACGUUCAACAGAUACCUGAGUCUUCGCAGAAGAUGUUGAAGACUUUGUCUCCGAGCUGGUUGCAGCUGGGAGUGAGGAGCUGGAGCUGGCGGUCAUAGGCUUCAUGACUUGCUUCUGUACUGGUUUCUCUUGAGGCUUUGGUGGUGGUGCUGAGGAUUUUGGAGCUGAGGAGAUUGGUACUAAGGGCUUUGGCGCUCAUGGUUCUGGUGUUGAAGGUUCUGGUGCUGAGGGUUUUGUGACUGAAGCCUGAGCAGACUUCUCUUGAGGCUUUGGAGCCUUUGGUUUUGAUGGUACAGACUGCAUUUAAGGAAUUUCUGAGCCAGAGGUCUCAGCGGUAGAGGAAGUAGCAGCAGCUGAGGAUUCAUUGAAUUUCCUCAAUGCAGUUUCUGCCUGCUUCUUGAGCUUAGCCAGAUGCUUUUCCUUCUCAUCUGGAUAGUCAUCAAUGGUCAUCAGGCUUGAGGGAUGUGCUACUUGAUGAUCCUCAAGUGGGGACCGUCUGCCAGGGGGCUUCAAAGCGAAUUUCUUCGCAUACUUGGGAGUCACAAACCUGUAUUCCUUCCAUUCCUUCGCCCAUCGGCGUUCUAUCUUCUGCAGCCGUAUCUUUCUCUUUGCCAUUGUCUCAUUUUCAUCAGGCGUGCAAUACUCCAAGUAGAUAUCCUCAGGGAUAUCCACAGAUGUGUUUUGCUCAAGUUUCUUUCCUCCCUUCUGUUUUCUAUCAUCCUCCAUUUUUUCAGCUGAGGAUUUUGCUGAUGAGAUUGAACUCUUGAGGAUUCUGAUGAGACUUGAAGAUUUUCUUCAAGAAACGCUGCAAAUAAGUUAAUGUGAUGAGAACCAAGAGAUUCAUCAGCUGACAUGUGUGUACCUGUGAACAGAGUAUAGCUGCGAGGAAUUUGGAGAGGUCAUAUGCGUUCUCAAAUUUGAAGAAAAUGAAAAAGUUUGACAGUUUCACGAAUAUAACCAGUGGUUGAGGAAUUUGCCUAAGCAUACUGUUCUUGGGUUCCAGAGUUGUACAGAUCCUAAAAUUCGCACAAUUGAGGAAUCUCGUGAAAAUCUUAGAUGCUUAGCAUAAUUCAUCAAUGAUGUGGUGAUAGGAAGUGUUUGAGGAAUCAAGUGCUUAUCGAUUCUUGAGGUAAAACAGAUUUCACAUAGAAGAUGUAAAAUUUUAGAUCUAACUUGCGGUAAAAAUGGGAUUUAUUUACCCUGGAAGGUGCGCACGAAGAACACAGAAAGGUGUGUGUGGAGAAGCUCUUCGGUCGCGUGACCAAUGCACCCUAACCCGGCGACAAAUGACGUCUACGGCGGCGGCGGACAAAGAUGGUCUGACUCCGGCGUGAUUCUGGCGACGGAGAAGUUGAGGUAGUGAACCUCACCGGCGACGAGACUACGUACCAGCGAUGGCGCUAGGGUUCGGUGGUGUUUGCUGUGACAGAAGAACGAUGGAGCGAAGAAGAGUAUGCCGACACUACGGGAAUCAGGUAAUUUGCCGUCUGUUAAGAUCUUUGCCGUCAGCUUUUCUUCGUGGAUGACGGCAAAGAGCACUUUUGCCGUCAGUUGCCGUCAGCUGCUGACGGCAAAGAAUGACUGCCGGCGUAAACAUAUUUUGCCGUCUAUAAUAAAAAUUGCAGACGGCAAAAUUAUUUUGCCGUCUAUAAAAAUAAGCGGAUGAUGACAAAGAUAUAAUUUGCCGCCUGUAAUAGAAAGUGAUGACGGCAAAGAAGAAGCACAGCACACGGAUCGAUCACGCGGAUCGAUGAUGUGGCAAGAUCUGAGACUCACGAACCUACCCCAUCCCACCACGCACGAACGUGGGUGAAAAAAUAUUUUGCCGUCUGUAAAAAUAACUGGAUGACGACAAAGACGUAUUUUGCCGUCUGUAAACUAGAUGACGGCAAAAUUAUUUUGCCAUCUUUGAAAGUAACUAGAUGACGACAAAAUAAGAAGCAAUUUGCCGACUGUAAUAGAAACUCAUGACGGCAAAGAAGAAGCACAACACAUGGAUUGAUCACACGGAUCAAUGACGUGGAAAGAUCUGAGACACACGAGCCCACCCCAUCACACCACGCACGGACGUGGGUGAAAAAAUAUUUUGUCGUCUGUAAAAAAACCGGAUGACGGCAACGACUUAAUUUGUCGUCUUGAAAAAUAACCGGAUGACGGCAAAGAGAAAGCACACCACGCGGAUCGAUCCCAUGGAUCGAUGACGUGGCGGCCCAUCCCACCGUCGCUGCCUCUCCCACCCAGGAUCCACCGCAUCCACUCAACUCGGCUGGCCCACCACUCACCUCCACCCGACCUUAUCCUCUCACCACCUCUCUUCUCUCUCGUACCCAGACUCCUCCCCCGUCGCGACCACCACCUCUCUUCUCUGUCGUACCCAGACUCCUCCCCCGUCGCGACCACCACUCUCGGCCCCGACUCCUCUCUCGUCCCGACCACCACCCCCUCCUCCAAUGCACCACCGGCCACCCUCCCGAUCAGGUCGCCGGCGGCAAAGCCCCUACCCUCCAGCGCCCACCACCACUCAGCCCUUCCUCCGAUGCCCAACCACCCCCUCUCUCCGGCGUCUCACCGCCCACCCCUACCUCCCGCGCCCCAGCACCCAUCCUCUGGAUCAGGUCGCCGGCGGCAACGCCCCCACCCCCCGCGCCCACCACCACCCACCCUCUGGAUUAGGUCGCCGGCGGCGAGGCCCCCACCCCCCGCGGCCACCACGUCAGAUCCAGCGACCCUGCAGCUCCCCGACGCCACCGCAGUUGGCCUCAGCAGCUCCCCGACGCCACCGGAUCUGGCGACCUCAGCAGCUCCCCGACGCCACCGCAGCUCGCCUCUCACGCGACCCCGCCUCCUUCCAGUGCCUCCACCAGGUCGGCCUCCGGGUGGCCAGCCCCGGAUCCGGUGAGAUCCGUGAGGCGCGGCUGCGGGAGUUAGAUGGGGUGCCCGAGGAGCUACUCUUCGCCUGCUGGCCCUGCACACGCCGCCUGGUGGCCCCACACCCGCCGCCUGGUGGCCUUGUUCGAGAUGUGCCGCGUCCAUGCAGUGGAGAAGAAGCCAAGGGACCUGAUUGCUUUUUAUCUUUAGUUCCAGGGUGCUUUAUGUAAUACGCGAGGACUGCUUUAGGAGUUGUUCUUAUGUCAGGGUUCUUUGUGUAAAUUUAUAUCCACUUGUUGGCUGAUGUAGUUAUGCCCUUUUCUGCCAUUUUGGUUCAUUGAGUGACGAUGGACUAUGUAUGUUUUAUAAAAUCCGCUCGUAAUAGAUUCUAUCUAUGCCUUUGACCAGAUUUGCAGCUGAUUGUUAUUUAUAUUUUUUUUAAAAGAAAAUUCCGUUGCCGUUUGGUAUUGAUAACAACUGACGGCAAACCCGUAAUCUUUGCCGUCUUGCAUUCCGGUCGGAUGACGGCAAAGAGUUAACGUCGUCCGGGUGGUUCUGUUAGGUUUUUUGCCAUCUGCCUCAUAAUAGAUGACGGCAAACCGUUUUCACUAACGGCAAAUUUUUUGCCGUCUGCCCGAAAAAAUGCUGACGGCAAAAUUACCCUUUGCGGGCACAUGGUCUGACGACAUUUUUUGCCGUCAUGGGCUGACGGCAAAAAUUUUGCCGUCUGUAAUUCUCUCUUUGCCGUCUUUAGCGUCCUGAAGGCAAAAUGCCUGAUUCCUGUAGUGCGAGGGGGAUAAGGACAUAUUUAUAGCCAAAAGUUACUGUUGGCGCGAAAAGUUUGGACCAAACAGCCCGUGCCUCUACGUCUCCGCAGGACACGUGUAGCUCCCGAACAGUGCGGUGGAGAUAGUGGAGAUCGUGGUUAUCCAAUCGUGGGAAGUGGGGUUCAGUUACUGUGUAUUAAAGAAACAAUUUUUUAAGAUUUGAGGAUUUUCGUUACAAAAUCAUCAGCUGACAAGGGCGCAGUGAGGAUUUUGAACAAAGUUUCAAGUAGAACGCAUAUGAAGAAUUGAAUAGACUGGAUGAGUAUAGCAUAGAGGGAAAGUAGGGUCCGAUCACAUUCACUUAGCAGAAAUGUCAACUUGAAGAAUUAGCUAUAAGUGAAUGUUGUUGAGGACUUGAAAUCACAUUCUAUCUAGUCAAAUGAAAGUCAUCAAGUGUUUUUUGAAGAUUUUGUGAUAAAUCGUCACAAUGAAGAACAGUUGUUUUGAAGAAAAACACAUUUUGAGGAAAUAGAACAUUUGAAGAAAAUCAACUUGUGGAAUUUCACAUUGGGCGGUGGCGUGACCCACCAUAUAAGAAUGUUGAUUACAGACGCCGCGUACAAUUGUCGUAGGGCCCUGAGAAUCAAUUUCUUCAUUGAUUUCUUCACACUCAGAGUGACAUUCUUCAUUAGUUGAAGAAAAUCGAUUCAUCAUGUGUUGCACAUCUAAGUCAUCAGUUUUGCAUAAGUGUUAGGAUGUGUGCAUGUUUUCACAAAACAUUUGAGGAUUCUAAGAUAUUUAGCUCACACCGCAACUUGCAAAACCUUUUCUCAUCCAAGGGCUUAGUGAAGAUAUCUGCCAGUUGAUCAUCAGUCUUCACAUGGUCGAUGAGGAUAUUGCCCUUGAGGACAUGGUCCCGAAGAAAAUGAUGAUGAAUCUGGAUGUGCUUGGUCUUCGAGUGUUGUACUGGGUUGUAUGAAAUCUUGAUAGCACUCUCAUUGUCGCAGUAGAGAGGCACAUUCUUCAUGUUGAUGCCAUAGUCCUUGAGGGUUUACUUCAUCCAUAGUAAUUGAGCACAGCAAGAACCAGCAGCAAUGUACUCAGCUUCGACAGUGGAGAGUGAUACGCAGUUCUGCUUCUUUGAGGACCAGCAAACUAGUGAUCUUCCGAGGAAAUGGCAUGUGCCAGAAGUUGACUUGCGAUCCACAUGGUCACCAGCAUAGUCAGAAUCAGAAUACCCUACCAGAUGAAGAUUUGAGCCCUUGGGAUACCAUAAUCCUAGUGUUGGUGUGUGAGCUAAGUAUCGAAGAAUAUGUUUCACAACCUUAUGGUGUGGUUCCUUUGGUUUUGCUUGAAAACGUGCACACAUGCAAACACUAAGCAUUAUAUCUGGCCUAGAUGCACAUAGAUACAAUAGAGAUCCAAUCAUAGAACGAUAUACCCGCUGAUCGAAAUCUUUACAAUUUUCAUCAGUGCCGAGGUGGCCAUUGGUAGGCAUUGGAGUCUUGGCACCUUUGCAUUCAUGCAUGUUGAAUUUCCUUAGAACAUCCUUGAGGUAUUUCUCCUGUGAUAUGAAGAUUCCAUUGCUUUGUUGACGAAUUUGAAGACCUAAGAAGAAUUUUAGCUCCCCCAUCAUGGACAUCUGAUAUUCUUCACUUAUCAUGUAGGCAAAUUCAUCACUGUAUAUAUCGUUUCUCAGUACAUCCAAAUAUGAUACCAUCAACAUAUAUUUGACACACAAAUAGCUCAUUAUCAUAGGAUUUAUUGAAAAGAGUUGGAUCGAGUGAACCAGGUUUGAAGCCUUCUUUCAUGAGGAAUUCCUUCAAUGUAUCAUACCAUGCUCGAGGGGCUUGCUUGAGACCAUAAAGAGCCCUUUUCAGUCUGAAGACUUUGUCUGGAUUCUUUGGAUCCUCAAAACCUGGGGCCUGAGCAACAUAUACUUCUUCCUCAAGCUUACCAUUGAGGAAUGCACUUUUCACAUCCAUUUGAUAUAAGAUGAUGUUAUGAUGAUUAGCAUAAGCAAGUAGUAUUCAAAUAGCUUCAAGUCUAGCAACAGGUGCAAAAGUUUCAUCAAAAUCUAUUCCUUCAACCUCGGUGUAGCCUUGGGCUACAAGUCGUGCCUUGUUCCUGACCACUUGACCGUCCUCAUCUUGCUUGUUUCGGAAAAUCCACUUGGUGCCGAUGAUGUUGUGCUUGCGAGGAUCUGGUCGUUUGAUGAGCUCCCAUACGUCAUUCAGCUUGAAUUGAAGAAGUUCGUCUUGCAUAGCUUGGAUCCACUCCGGUUCCAGAAAAGCCUCAACAACUUUUGAGGGUUCUGUGAUGGAUACAAAGGAAAAAUGCCCACAAAAGUUAACUAAGUGUGAAGCUUUUGAGAGGACCUGGCGCGUUGAUGUCGUUGAGGAUUUUGUCAAGUUCUACUUCAUUUGCAAUCCUCAGAUGAGCUUGUUGAGGAUUUUGUCUGGGCUGAGGAAGUGGUUCUGGUGCAAUUUCCUCAGGAGCAUCUUCUUGAUUUUCAUCCGUGAUGGGAAUCGUUUCUUCACCAAUUUCCUCAGUGGGGACAAUGUCUUCAGUAGGCUUGAGCUUUCACUACAAGAAAUAAGGUCAAUUAUGACUCCCUAUAUUGGUCACUGAUUCGUCAUUGUCGUUGUUUAUUGACCUUUUUUGACCAAAUUUACAACGUCAACAGUUGGCCGUCAAGAAUGAACAAACAUGACCUUUCUAAAAUUUUGGUCGCAGGCCUCUAUCGACCAAAAUUUUGGUUUGAUCAUUACUCAUUUGUGUGAGCCACGUAGGAUCUGACGUGGCCAAGCUGACGUGGCAUUGCUAGUGACCAAAUAAAACCAUCAUAAAUUUCAGAUCCCUGUCCACCAAUCCAGCUACAUGGGCCUGACCCAAUACAUAUUUUACUAUUAAAAAUGUCUGAUUUGUUUGGGUUGAAGAAAAAAAAUUUGCCAGAAGCACGCAUAUCUCAAGAUAGGCCCAUUAAAAUAAGUACAACAGAAUAAAAGAUUGCAAAUAAAAUGUAUAUUUUAUUUCAGUAGCAUAUCACAUCAAAUACAAUACAUCAUCCACCGACUUCACGCAUUAAGGUUCAACGCCUAAUAAGGGCACAUCAAAAUAACUUACAUGUGCACAACAGAAUACUUCUCCAAGUGCAAGUAAACAGAAAAAGUUUCCAACAAAUUCACAAUCGAACAUAAAGAGAGUUCCACAAAGAUUGGAUGAGAACCACAAGUUUCUUCUCAUCCUCUUCCUCUGCACAAUAUGCUCUUGCCAUUCCCGUCUGCAAGAAAAAAAUGAUGGUAAGGCUGCAUAUACUUUGUAUACUUCGGACUAGAGUAUAUAGAUUCUAGUAUAUAUGUUGCAAAAUAGUUAUUACUGUUGUACGUGUGUAUAUAUAUCGAUGGUGUGACGCUACUUGUUUUCACUAUAGUAUAGCUACGUGGACACAUGUAGUAUAUGUUCGUAUACCUGAUACUAUAUUGACAACAAACCGAACCGACUACCGGACACAAAAUACUGGCAUACAUGGACAUAGUAAAUGGACUAUAAAAAAGAGAUUCAGAUAACAGCAAAUUGUGAAAAAGUAUCUUUAAUAGUGCCGUAAAUAAACUUAAAACAGCGAUCAACAGUAGCACGUAAACUAGAAGACAAAGAGAGAAAAGGGAAAAAAUAACCUACUUACAUGGAUAGAGAAAAUGGACUUCAAACAACAAGUAAAUGAGAAAACGUCAAAUAUUAUUGGAAAAUAAACUUGCUAAUGUGAUGAAUAAUAGCUGGAAUUAAAAUAGAAAACCCCUACAUACAUAGACACAAAGAGUUGAGGGGAAACUAGAUGACAGACUAAAACCAAGAGAGAAUAGGGAAUUGCAUUAUGUACACACAGAGACGGAAAAUAUCGGAACACAAAGAAAAAAUACACCUACCUAGAAUAAAGAAAGGAAAGGACUGAAGACUGUAAAACAUAUACAUGUACACUUUGUAUACUACUGUAAGCCUAUGUAUUACUUGUUGUUUCUAAAAAGGAAUGGACUGAAGACUGUAAAGGAACAUAUUUUUUUUCUUUCUAAAAGGACAUAAAUUAACGUGGAAAAUAGGGUAUGGAUCAUCUUCAGCAAAGUCACUAGGCAAAAAUUGCCUCCAGAAUCAUCAAUGUCAAAAGAACAUUGUAUGCGAAUAUUCGGCUACGCAUGAACCAGUCAACAAAAACAGAGUCACAUUGCAAAUUCAACUACAGUAAAAAGCUUACUUGCCUGAACAUACGGGAACACAAUUACAGGGAGGGUCUCAAGAAAGCAUCCAACUUGUCAUGCAACACAUUUGCAUCUCCCAGCCGUUCUUGUUACUCCAAUUCCUCCCCUGCAACCCGUGGCCACUGGACACACUCGAACCAGAGGUGUUCGAUGUUCCAUCCAGCCUAUGCACGGCAGUAAUUAGUAAGGCGAAAGGUAUGACUUAAAACCUAAUCCUCACGUAGCAAAAUAAAAUGGUAAAAAUAUGAACUUCAGGAAACCAACAAAGCAAGCAGGCAAAAAUUAUUGCAGCUAGCUCAUACAUCUUCCUUUUUCUAACCACACAUAAACCAAACCAAUGUAUCAUGUUGUGGGGGAACGCGCUGGCGGCGGCUGAUCCUCAUGAUAAACUUUGAAGGUAUCAUGUUUUUCUGACCUGAGAAGCCCUUCAGGAUCACAUGGGGCCUGGCAUCAUGAGGGGGCAUCACGAGGGAGUGGCCCAUUUUGUGGUGAAUCAAUGCAGCAUUACUGUCACAAGAGAGAGGAGUUAAUCAAUGCAGCAUUUUGUGGUGAAUCAAUGCAGCAUUACUGUCACAACAAAGGUGACGAAUGAGCAUUAUGCAAGCUCUUGAUUUUAUUAGAACCUGGGAUCGUGCAUAAACCGGUCGACCGUAGAGAUCCUGGAUGCCUAAGAUUUUGCGGUCAAUCAUGCCAACUGCAUUGCAGCCUGGCCAGAGUCACCUCGUACACCGCAUUUGAUCUGAUGUAAGUUACGAUUUUGAAGCUCAUCAGUUCUACUGUCAUCUAUAAUAUUGCUAGAUAUAUUCUUAGCGUGAAAAAUAAAUGUGAAAGUGGAACUUACAGUGAACGUUUUCUUUGUGGAACCAGGACCUGAUAUCUGAUACUCCCAGUUGGGAACGUAGGUACCAUACAAGAGGGCCAUGUAGGCGAUUGUGAUGAGCAAGCCUGCGAGUCUAGAAGAACAAUACCGAAUGGUAAUUUCAGAAACACAACUUGCUCAUACUAAGUCCUUUAAAUAUGUCAUCUGGAUCAGUGAUUUUUAUUUNNNNNNNNNNNNNNNNNNNNNNNNNNNNNNNNNNNNNNNNNNNNNNNNNNNNNNNNNNNNNNNNNNNNNNNNNNNNNNNNNNNNNNNNNNNNNNNNNNNNNNNNNNNNNNNNNNNNNNNNNNNNNNNNNNNNNNNNNNNNNNNNNNNNNNNNNNNNNNNNNNNNNNNNNNNNNNNNNNNNNNNNNNNNNNNNNNNNNNNUAUUUGGUUCUUAAAGGUUUGAACUCACAGUUGAUAUCUGUAUCUCUUGAUCAAAUCAAGUCCAAAAUCUACAUCAUCUUCUCCCUUGAGCCAAAUCUGACACAGUGCUCUGACAAGAUAAGCUAUUGUGAUUCUCUGCAACCAAGUAGGCACCACAAAUCAUAAGUCAUCCCACAUUUAGUUGAACUAUUGAUGCAGAAUAAUGUAUUGCAUAUGCCGCUUACCUGCAGUAUACCCAUCAAACGUAUUUGUGCAAUAUCAACCCCAAAAGUAAGGCUACGAACUCCUUGAAAAAAUCCACCUGUGCAACACAGCAGAACAAGAAACUAAACAUGAAACAUUAUGUCGAAUCGAAUGUACCGUCAUCCUGUUCAGGAACAAUCCUAAUUAAUACCUUGUAGAACAAAACCAACACAGAAUAGCUUCAGUGCACGAAGUGUUGCCUUUCGAGUCGCAUCCAAUUUGUCUGGCACUCUCUGCAUGCAUCACGAGAUGACGCAGUUAGGUGUAAGCAAUAGCAAGUCAUGAAUGUCACACCAGUGUUAGCUCGACAGAACGAAAGUAAAUGUCAUGGUCGUGUUGUUGUCAGUGUGUACCUUGUACGCUAGAGCUAGAGCGACCCCAACAAUGAAAAGGAAAAAAGGCAUGACGAAAUGAGCUAUGGUUACACCUUCCCAAGGGGAGUGGUUCAUCGCCGGGAGAAAUGAUCCAGUGUCGUCCGCGAUGAACAUAAGCUGCAGCAAUGAAAACAACGGUUAACUUUUAUUUCACCCAUUUUGUUAACACAGAUGGAAGAACAACAGAUUAGAAGGGCGCAGAAUGAUUUAUGUAAAGUAUAUAGAGUUGUACUGUGUAUUCCAUGGAGGAACAAGCUUUGUUCUACCAUUUCCUAGGGGACUAGUUAGAAGUUUCCACCGUCUAAGCCAAUCAUCUGCAAAUAUACUGGAGACCUUUCUAUAUUAAACAACCAUCCCACUUGUUACAUACCUGAUGGCACGAGGGUGAGAGCCGUAGCGAGCACCACCUUCACACGGCUUGAACCUGCACAUCGGGGCGCUCACGCCACCAUGGAUGUGGAUCUGAACCGGCUGCUCGAUCUUGGUCAAGGAGAGGUGAGGAGGCCACCGGUGGUGGGGAUAAGGCGAGGGGGAGAAGGGGUGGGGCACACGUUGUGGGGGAAGGCGGCGGCGGCGGCGGCUGAGGCUGUGGGGGAUGGCGCCGGUGAGUGAUGGCGGCGGCAGCAGGCGAGGGAGAGGGAGAUCGAGAGAGGGGAAUAGGGGAACGGGGGGCUAGGGAUGGUGCGUCGACGUGGGCAUUACGAGCAAGCCUAUCACAUGGGAGGCCACGGAUCCAUCCCUAGAAACAGAUCUGGCCAUCCACUCCUACUACAUCCAACGCUCCAAAAUCCUCCCCUCAUAGAACACACCUUUAUCACUUUUUUCUUCUUCCUUUUUUCGAUCGGUAGCACUUAAUGACCAAUUUGUGCAAUAGUAUCAUGACCUAAUGGACGUAAAAGGUCAUAACAUUAUGGGCUUUGGACCCUCUUAGACUUGCCAUGACUAAUUUCAGAAUUUUGGUCAUGGAUCAAUGACCAAUUAAACCACCGUCAUUUUUUGGGGUCAUAAUUGAGCAUUUUUCUUGUAGUGUUUAUUGCUUCCUCAAGAGACAACUUAUCUGGAUCAGAAGGCAAUUUCUCUCUUUGCGAGCCAUUAGUUUCAUCGAACCGCACAUCUACAGUCUCAACAACUCUGUUCUGAUAGUUCUUGAAGACUCUGUAAGUGUGCGAGUCCUUUCCAUAACCGAGCAUAAAACCUUCAUGUGCCUUAGGUGCAAAUUUUGAGCGAUGGUGAGGAUCUCUAAUCCAGCAUUUUGCACCGAAGACUUUGAAAUAACUUACAUUGGGUUUCUUGUCAGUGAGGAGUUCAUAUCAGGUUUUCUUGAGGAAUUUGUGAAGAUAUACCCUGUUGAUGAUAUGGCAUGCAGUGUUGAUUGCUUCAGGCCAAAAGCGACGAGGAGUCUGAUAUUCUUCAAGCAUAGUUCUUGCCAUUUCAACCAGAGUCCUGUUCUUCCUUUCGACGACACCAUUCUGCUGAGGAGUAUAAGGAGCAGAUAAUUCGUGAGUAAUAACAAGUUCAUCAAGAUAAUCAUCAAGACCUGUGUUUUUGAACUCGGUUCCAUUAUCACUCUUGAUAUGUUUGAUCUUGAUGCCAAAGUUCAUCGAGGCCCUUGAGGAAAUUCGUUUGAAGAUUUCCUGCACUUCAGUUUUAUACACUAUGAUAUGCACCCAAGUAUAUCUGGAAUAAUCAUCAACUAUGACGAAGCUAUAUAAAGAUGCUGCAUUGGUUAGUGUGGCAUAGUGAGUAGGUCCAAAUAGAUCCAUGUGAAGCAACUCGAAUGGACGUGUAGUGGUCAUGAUAGUCUUCGAGGGAUGCUUGGAUCUGGUCAUUUUCCCAGAUUCACAAGCACCGCAGAGAUGAUCCUUGAGGAAUUUGAUCGAUUCGAUGCCGAUGACAUGCUUCUUCUUCGCGAGCGUGUGCAAAUUCCUCAUGCCUGCAUGACCUAGUCUUCGGUGCCACAACCAUCCUUCUGAGGUUUUUGCUAAUAAGCAAGUGGCUGGUUGAGGACCUGUAGAGAAAUCAACAAUGUACAAAUCCCCUCUUCUUACACCUUCGAAGACUUUGGAUCUGUCAGAUUCCAUGAUGACUACACAUCUAUAUGUACCAAAGAUAACAAUCAUAUGAAGAUCACAAAGCAUCGAGACUGACAUGAGGUUAAAACCAAGGGAUUCAACAAGCAUCACUUUGUCCAUAUGCCUAUCCUUGGAAAUAGCCACUUUGCCAAGUCCCAAUACCUUGCCUUUACCUUUGUCAGCAUAUGUGAUUUGGUUCAGAGGUGAUGGAGUUAGUGGCAUAUUCAUCAGUAACCUUUUAUCACCAGUCAUGUGAUGUGUGCAGCCACUAUCAAGAACCCACUCAGUAUUCUUGGGUUUGUCAUCCUGCAGAUGAAUUAGUACAGCUUACCAUCUCAUAUGCUUCAGAUUUGAAGAAUAUGAUACUAAUUUCAUCAGACCAGUAAUUUCAUCACAACAGAAAUGUAAGGACGUAUGAAAUAUUUCUAUUUCAUCAAUCAUUAGCUUGCGUCCUAUCAAGCAUUUCUUCAGGUCUCCAGCAAAUUCUUCAGAUGAUGAUUUUCAUCUAGAGACCUGACCUGCAGAAGUGAUUAGUUCGAUUUCUUCACCACCCACAUCUAAAGGGGUGGCAAAGCAUUCAUUAUCCUGCGAGCACCAUAUGAGAAUGGUGGCAUUGAGGCCAAUGCACUUCUCUUAAUAGUAGGGUGAUUAAAGUACUCAUAUGAAUAUGCAGAGAACUGGUUAGAGGAUUUAUGAACAUAAUGAUUUGAGGAGUAACGCUCAUAUUCAUAUUCCUUGUAGUUUCCCUGCAUGUUAGACGCAUUAGCACGGGUACGAGCAUAGUUUUGACCAGUUGAGGAUUUUGAUCCUCUUGAAGACUUUGGUCCUCCUGAGGAAUUUGAUCUGGGGUUCAGAUUCUUCUGUGGUGGUGUCAUGAGGACAUUCACCUGAAGAUUUUCAAGACAGCUUUUGGGAACCCAGAUUUUCCUCAAGGGGGGGCCAUUCCUGCAGUUAGUUCCAACAUAUCGAGCAAAUACUUCACCAGAUUGAUUUUUGAACAAUUUAUAGUUGGAGUAAAAUGACUCAUCUGAGGAAUAGGAUAAUUCACAUGAAAAGCUAGUUAAAUUAGAUGGAUCAAAAGGAGGCCCAGUAGCAGCAACCCAUGAGGUUUUGGGAUACUGCUCACGUUUCCAAUAAGAUCCAUCAGCAUAUAAUUUCCUCUCAAAGGCAAUUCCUUCUUUCCUCGGGUUCCUGUUCAAGAUAUGCUUUUUGAGCACAUCACAAAGGGUUUGAUGUCCUUUGAGGCUUUUGUAUAUGCCUGUCACGUACAAUUCCUUCAACCCUGCAUUUUCAUCAGUAACAUUUGUGUUUUAGUCAAGUGGGGAGAUAGACACAACAGGUGCAGUUGAAGAAUUUGUAGCAAUAGCAGCAUUUGAUGAUUCUGGUGAGGAAUUAGCAGUUUCGCGUUCAAUGCAUUUAAUACAUGGAGGAAUGAAUUCAACUUGACCAGCGUUGAUCUGUUGAGCUAGUAAUGAAUCAUUUUUCAUACGAAGAUCAUCAUGAGACAUCCUCAGCUUCUCAAGGUCAAGCUUCCUUUGAAGAAAUUCAUAGCAAAGCUUCUCAUGAUCAGUGAGGAGUCUAUCAUAACGAUCCUGAAGAUUAUCAAAUCUAGACUGAAGACUUUUCACAUCUUCAGUGAGGAUUUGGGUAAGGUUCAUUUCAUCAUUCAACAGAUCAUCACUUUUAUCUAGAAGUUUCUGAAGCUUUUCCAGGGCAGUUUGUUGUUUAGUGGCAAUGAUAGCAAGUUUACUGUAACUGGGUUUCUUAUAAUCAUCAGGUUCACAGUCACUUGAAUCAGAGGAGGAGGCAUUAUUUGGUACCUUUGAACCUUUUGCCAUGAAUCAAUAGGUUGGAGCGAAGUCAUUAGCAUAGUCAUCAGUAUGGAUGGUGCAAUCAUUUUCUUCAAGAUUGAAGAUUGACUUGCUGACGAAAGUGGUUGCCAGUGCAAGACUAGCCUGUCCGGAUUCCGAGUCUUCAUUAGAACCCUCUUCUUCAUCACAUUCCUCUCAUUCUGCCUCAGAGUCCAUUUCCUUGCCAAUAAGUGCCCAAGCCUUUCUGAAACUAGUCUUCUUGUGCGAUGAGCGCUUUGAAGAUGAGGAUUUUGAAGAUUUCUUCUUCUUCUUCGAGUCAUCAAAACUGUCAUCCUUGUAUUUCUUCUUCUUUGAUUCCUUUCCCCAACGGGGACAAUCAGAAAUGUAAUGACCCGAUUUCUUGCACUUGUGGCAGGUUCGUUUCUUGUAGUCCUCAGAUGAAGAUUCUGAUUUCCUCAUGUCUCUUCUUGCAGAUUUACCGAACUGGCCACGUCGUGUAAAUCUUUGGAAUUUCCUCACGAGCAUUGCAAGCUCCUAUCCAAAUUCUUCAGGGUCACCAAUGUUGUCAUCUGUGUCUUCGUCUUCAGAUGAGGAAAUUGCUCUAGCCUUCAGUGCACGUGGUCUGGAAUAGCUGGGUCCAUAUAGAUCUCUCUUUUCUUCUAGCUGGAAUUCAUGAGUAUUUAGCCUUUCAAGUAUAUCAGCUGGAUCAAGCAUCUUGUAGUCUGGUCUUUCUUGAAUCAUCAGAACUAAAGUAUCAAAUGAAGAAUCCAAAGAUCUCAGCAGUUUCUUCACAACUUCGUGAUCGGUGAUGUCUCGAGCUCCGAGUGCUUGCAGUUCAUUUGAUAUGUCAGUGAGGCGAUCAAAGGUGUCUUGUCAUCUUUAUUUGUCAUGUCUCUUGAAGCGAUUGAAGAGAUUGCGAAGAAUAUCAACACGAGAGUCACGCUGGGUUGAUACUCCUUCAUUUACCUUGCACAGUCUCUCCCAUAUCAGUGUUGCAGAGCCCAAAGCACUUACUCUUCCAAACUGGCCUGGGCUCAAAUGGCCACAGAUGAUGUUCUUCGCUUGAGAAUCGAGUUGCUUGAAUUUCUUCACAUCAGCAACAAAGACACUGGCAGAGAUGAUGGGGACGCCAUGUUCCACAAUAUACCAGAGAUUAUUAUCAAUAGCUUGUAGAUGCAUUUGCAUUUUGUUCUUCCAGAAGGGAAAGGUCUUUCCUUUGUAGGUAGGACAUGCUGCACUCACCUUAAACAUGUCUGCAGUCGACAUAACUAAAACUCCAGGUGGUUAAACCAAAAUCACAUAGAACAUGGGAGUACCUUGCUCUGAUACCAAUUGAAAGUGCGUUAUAUCGACUAGAGGGGUGGUGAAUAGGAGAUUUUUAGAAUUUCAUCACUGAGGAAAUUCCUUUUGAGGAAAUUCCUCACUGAUGACUAACUUACAGCGGAACAGUAAAGGAUCAAAAGUGCAAAGUUUCACAACAACAAUUUUUCAGAGUGAAGAAUGUGAAAACAGAUUGCACUGUGAGCAGGCACACAGAAUAUAGAUGAGGAUUAACUGACGUGAGGAAUUUGGGGUUGAGGAAAUUCAGAGAAAGUCUUCAGCAAAUUCUUCAAACAGUCUCAGUGAAAGACAACAACACAUAAUACGAGGAAAGUAAGGAGUUGAGGAAUUAGAACCCGUUUCUCACUGAAGACAGUCGUUGAUGACCCAAUUCCAACUGCUGUGACAGUCGUACAUCUGGUUUGGAGCGGCUUGGUAUUGAAACCAAAGGACACACACUCCCUACCGUAUUCUCCUUGAGCUAAGGACACACAGUCCUCACCCAACACUCGUGGUAAGUCUUCAGGGCAGACUUCCAAACCCUCACAGACUUGGUCACCCGGCGAUCCAUAAUUGACUGCUGGAAAGCUCUAGACCAUGACGCCUAACCGUCUGGAGGAUGCACAGUCCUCAAAGGUAAAAGGCUUUAGUCCCACACAGGAACAACUUCUUGAGUGAUGCUCAAUCACUAGGUUUGGUUUGUGGUUCUGUAUGGGGUAUUUCCUCACUGAUGAAUUACUCUUGAAGACUCUGAGGAAUUGGGUUGCUCUUAUGAAAAGUGUCAGUUUCUAAUGGAGCAGCCAACCAGCUAGUGGUUGUGGGGGUGGCUAUUUAUAGCCUGGGAGCAUCCCGACAUGAUUUGACACUAAUGCUCUUAAAUAAUAUGACCGUUGGAGUGGAUAAGACCAAUGACUUGGCGUGGCUAUCGAAACGGUCGGAACCCUCAACUGUGAGAGUCCUUAUGUCACUCGUAUUCCUCACUUGAGGCUUUUUGGUAGGAUUAGGCUUGGUUGAGCAUCAUGAGGAAAUUCAUUCCAAAGUGUAACUUCGACCCCCUUUAACAGUACGGUGUUCCUAUUACUCAAAUGCGAAGAAAAUAAAACAGAAAGUGUAAAUCUUCAUGCUUCAAAUUCUUCACGGUGAUUUUCUUCAGAACACACCGGACUUCUCAAUAUCAGUAUCUUCAUGAGGAAUAUCAAUUUCAUCGCAGAUUCUUCGCGAUUCAUUUCUUUAGCUUCAGACCAAUUUCUUCAACUGAAGACAUACAUUUUUAGGGGUCGAUAUUCUUCAAAUAUCUCAAACUCCUCAAUGACUUAUAGAUCCUGUGUACACUCACAAACACAUUAGAUACUUAACCUAUAAGUCUUCAAACCACCAAAAUCACUAAGGGGCACUAGAUGCACUUACAACUUGCAUGAUUUUUCUAAAUAGCACAAAAAAUACUAAUAAAAUACUUCAAAAAUGUUCAACAGAGCAGUGUUAACAGGAAACUAGAAUUAUGAGAUUCUCAAUUACCACAAUUAUUUUCUAAUUAUAUUUUGUUAUCUCGUGGCAAUGCACGGGCACUCAACUAGUAAUAGUAGAUGCAGAAAGUAUCGGUCUACUUGUCUCGGACGUGAUGCCUAUAUGUAUGAUCAUUGCCUUAGAUAUCGUGAUGACUUUGCGAGGUUCUAUCAAUUGCUUGACAGUAAUUUGUUCACCCACCAUAAUACUUGCUAUUUUGAGAGAAGCCUCUAGUGAACACUAUGGCCCCCAGGGUCUACUCCACACCAUAUUUUCAGCCUUACACUUUUUACUUCGUUGCACAUUCCACCUUCAGAUCUCACAUUGCAAACAAUCUUGAAGGGAUUGACAACCCCUUUAUAGCGUUCGGUGCAAGCUCUUUUGUGUUUGUGCAGGUACUCUGGACUUGACGAGAUUCUCCUACUGGAUUGAUACCUUGGUUCUCAAUCUGAGGGAAAUACUUACUGCUCAUGUGCUGCAUCACCCUUUCCUCUUCAAGAGAAGAACCAACGGAAGCCCAAGAGACGACAGAAGGAUCUCUGGCACCACUACUAGGGAAGAACUUUUUUUGCCGUAGCAGAAGAAUUUCUCGCACCAUUGCCAGGGAGGAUCAAGUCAAGAACUCAUCCAAGUAAGUGUUGCAAACUCGUCUCUUGCAUUUACCUUUUUUGCCUCUCGUUUUCCUCUCCCACACUUCUGAAAAACAAAAAUUUACAAAAAUAUUUGCCUUUUUCGUUCGCCCUCUUCUUUCGCUUGCUUUCUGUUUGUUUGUGUUGCCAUGUGCCUUCAAUAUGCUUGCAUCGUCACUUGCUGAAAAUCUAUUGAUAUGGAUCCUCACCCACUUGCUAAUCUCUUUAAGAGAUCCACUUAUGUGGAACCAAUUGCUAGUGAGUUGAGUGCACUUGACUUUCUCUAUGGAAUUUUGCUUGAGAUGUGUGAAUCUGAAAGUCGUGAUGAAGAAAUUUAUGAAGUGAUUCACGAGGGCUGCUUGAAUGAAAAGCAUGAUUGCAAUGGUUUCACUAUAAAUCCUAUUAGUGUCAAUCAUGCUAAAAAUAUGCAAAACCCAAAGCUUGGGGAUGCUAGUUUUGCUAUGUCAACUACUUGUUGCAAUGAUCAUGAUUGGGGUAAUGAUUUUUCUUAUGAUCUUGAAAAUUUGUUUAAACCUCAUGAUGAAUAUGAUAUUUGCAAUAUUAUUGAAAGUGGGUUUGGAGAAGUCAUGACAUUAGUUGAUGAUAAUCCCACUAUUUUUGAAGAGCGUCAACUUUGCAUGCAUGUGGAUCAUGAAAAGAAUAUCCUUUGUGAUAGUUAUAUUGUUCAAUUUGAUUUUGGUCCCACAUGUAAUUUAUAUGAGAGAGGAAAAUAUUGUGGUAGAAACUUUCAUGUUACCCAAUUACCUCUUGUUAUGUGGAGAUUGCUAUUGUCUCUUUCUUCUUCCUUGCAUAUGGUGACUAUUGGUUGUCUUGACAAUCUGUUUUCCUAUAAAAUGCCUAUGCAUAGAAAGUAUGUUAGACUUAGAUGUGAUUUUCACAUGCUUUAUGAUGCUCUCGGUGUGCUUCAAUUCUUGUCUUUUGUGUGAGCGUCAUUGAACUAUCAAUGCCUAGCUAAGGGCGUUAAACAAUAGUGCUUGUUGGGAGGCAACCCAACGAAUCUAUCUUUUUCUUUCUGUUUUGUUGCGUCCACACUUUCAUAACUCUGUUGUGAUUGUGUUUUUUGUGUUUAUUUUUGUGUUUGAGCCAAGCAAAACCUUUAUGACUACUCUUGGUAAUGGUUGUUUGAUCCUGUUGGAAAAAGACAAAAACUUUUCGCUCACCAGAUGAUAUUUCAUUUUUAUUCAGAGAGAGCUUUUGAGUUGAUUCGUUUUGCUUCUCGUUGAUAUGCCUUUUUCCCAGGCAGCCGUAAUUUUUAAGAUUUUUUGAGGUACCAGAAGUAUACGAAGUAUACAGAUUGCUACAGACUAGUCUGUUUUUGAAAGAUUCUGUUUUUGUUGAGUUGGUUGCUUGUUUUGAUGAAACUAUGGUUAGUAUCGGGGGGUACUAGCCAUGGAAAAGUGAGAAUGGAGUAGCCCAACACCAAUAUAGAUAGAAUUCAAGUUUGCUACAGUACCAAAAGAAGUGGUAAUUUGUUUUCUUCUUAAGUUUUGUGUUGUGAAGUUUUCAAGUUUUGGGUGAUGUUCUCAUGGACAAAGAUAUAAGGAGUGGAAAUAGCUCAAGCUUGGGGAUACCCAAGGCAUCCCAAGCCAAAUUCAUGGACACCAAAAAGCCUAAUCUUGGGGAUGCCCCAGGAAGGCAUCCCCUCUUUCGUCUUCAAUCCAUCGGUAACAUUACUUGGAGAUAUAUUUUUAUUCACCACAUGAUAUGUGUUUUGCUUGGAGCGUCUUGUAUCUUAGUAGUCUUUUCUUUUGUUGUGUCACAAUCAUCCUUGGUGCACACCUUUUUGAGAGAGAGAUACAUGCACUCAUCGUGAUUUUGCUAGAAUGCUCAUAGUGCUUCACUUAUAUCUUUUGAGCUAGAUACUUUUGAUCUAUGUGCUUCACUUAUACUUUUUAGAGCACGGCAGUGCAUGACUUGGUAGUUGGCUUAUGCUAUGAAAGUAGUCCCAAAUGUGAUAGGUACCCAAAGAGGAUACAAAAACCUCCAUCUUCAUGUGCAUUGAGUAGAAAGAGAAGUCUUGAUUCCUCUCAAUUAGUUUUGAGACGUGGAUUCGGUAAUAUUAAGAGUUAUGUUAGUAGGGUGUUGUGAAUCUAGAAAUACUUGUGUUGAAGUUAGUGAUUCCCGUAGCAUGCCCGUAUGGUGAACCGCUAUGUUAGGAAGUUGGACCAUAAUUGAUCUAUUGGUUGUCAUCCUUUGUGUUGAGGUCGGGAUCGCGCGAUGGUUAACACUUACCAACCCUUCCCCUCGGAGUAUGCGUUUAGCACUUUGUUUCGAUUACUAAUAAAAAUUUCGCAACAACUAUGUGAGUUCUUCAUGACUAAUGUGAGUCCAUGGUAUAGAUGCACUUUCACCUUCCACCAUUGCUAGCCUCUCUAGUGCUGUGCAACUUUUGCCGGUACACAAACUCACCAUAUGCCUUCCUCAAAACAGCCACCAUACCUACAUACUAUGGCAUUUUCAUAGCCAUUCCGAGAUAUAUUGCCUUGCAACUCCCACCGUUCCGUCUGAUGACUUGUGCCGUCACUCUCAUAUUGCCAUUGCAUGAUCGUAAGAUAGCUAGCGAGAUGUUUCAACGUCAUACGCCAUGCUAGAUCGUAGCGCAUCUCGGUACACUACCGGAGGCAUUUCCUAUAGAGUCAUUAUCAUUCUAAGCUUCGAGCUGUGAGUAAAUAAAUGUGUGAUGAUCAUCAUUAUUAGAGCAUUGUCCCAUGUGAGGAAAUUAAAAAAAAGAGGCCAAAGAGCCCAAANNNNNNNNNNNNNNNNNNNNNNNNNNNNNNNNNNNNNNNNNNNNNNNNNNNNNNNNNNNNNNNNNNNNNNNNNNNNNNNNNNNNNNNNNNNNNNNNNNNNNNNNNNNNNNNNNNNNNNNNNNNNNNNNNNNNNNNNNNNNNNNNNNNNNNNNNNNNNNNNNNNNNNNNNNNNNNNNNNNNNNNNNNNNNNNNNNNNNNNNNNNNNNNNNNNNNNNNNNNNNNNNNNNNNNNNNNNNNNNNNNNNNNNNNNNNNNNNNNNNNNNNNNNNNNNNNNNNNNNNNNNNNNNNNNNNNNNNNNNNNNNNNNNNNNNNNNNNNNNNNNNNNNNNNNNNAAAAUAAAAUAAAAAAAGAGGCCUAAGAGCCCAAAUAAAAAAAAGAGAAAAAGAGAGACGGGACAAUGCUACUAUCUUUUUCCACACUUGUGCUUCAUAAUAGCACCAUGUUCUUCAUGAUUGAGAGCUUCUUGCUUUGUCACUACCAUAUGCUAGUGGGAAUCUUCAUUAUAUAACUUGGCUUGUAUAUUCCAAUGAUGGGCUUCCUCAAAAUUUCCCUAGGUCUUCAUGAGCAAGCAAGUUGGAUGCGCGCCUACUAGUUUUCCUUUUGAGCUUUCACAUACUUAUAGCUCUAGUGCAUCUCUUGUAUAGCAAUCCCUACUCAUUCACAUUGAUAUCUAUUAGUGGGCAUCUCCAUAGCCUUUUGAUAUGCCGAGUCAAUGUGAUCAUCUCCUCCUUUUUGUCUCACAACCACCACCACACUCUAUUCCACCUAUAGUGCUAUAUCCAUGGCUCGCGCUCCUGUAUUGCGUGAUAGUUAUAAAAAGUUUGAGAAAGUAAGAGUUCGAAAACAAUUACUUGGCCAAUACUGGGGUUGUGCAUGAUUUACAUUAGUUGUGUGAGGAUGAUGGAGCAUAGCCAGACUAUAUGAUUUUGUAGGGAUAACUUUCUUUGGCCUUGUUAUUUUGAAAGUUCAUGAUUACAUUGCUAGUUUGCUUGAAGUAUUAUUGUUUUCAUGUCAGUAGAAAACAAUUGUUUUGAAUCUUAUAGAUCUGAACAUUCAUGUCACGUGAAAGAAGUUGCAAAGGACAACUAUGCUAGGUAGCAUUCCACAUCAAAAAUUCAUUAUUUAUCCCUUCCCUACUCGAGGACGAGCAGGAGUUAAUCUUGGGGACGCUUGAUACGUCUCCAACGUAUCCAUAAUUUUUGAUGGUUUCAUGCUAUUAUCUUGUCAAACUUUGGAAGUUUUGCAUGCCUUUUAUAUAUUUUUUGGGACUAACUUAUUAACUCAGUGCCAAGUGCCAGCUCCUGUUUUCUCCAUGUUUUUGACCCCUUUCAGAGGAGGAUUUUGAACAGAGUCCAAACGGAAUAAAACUUCUGAAAAUAUUUUUCCAGAACGGAAGAAGAUCAGGAGACUUGAGAACCAAGGCAGGGGGUCCUCAGGGACCCCAAAACCCUCAUGGCGCGGCCAGGGGGGCGAGUCGUGCAGGCUUGUGGGCUCCGUGGGCCACCUCUACCCUAGGUUUUGCGCCGAUAUAUCCCCAAAAAUUCCACAAAAAAUCAGGAGAUCAUCGAAAGUACUUUUCCACCGCCGCAAGCUUCUGUCUCUGCAAGAUCCCAUCUAGGGCACGUUCUGGUGCCCUGCCGGAGGGGGGGUUCGGACACAGAGGGCUUCUUCAUCAACACCAUGACCUCUCCGAUGAUGCAUGAGUAGUUCAUCAUAGACAUACGGGUCCAUAGCUAGUAACUAGAUGGCUUCUUCUCUCUCUUGGAUCUUCAAUACAAAGUUCUCCAUGAUCUUCAUGGAGAUCUAUCCGAUGUAAUCUUCUUUUGCGGUGUGUUUGUCGAGAUCCGAUGAAUUGUGGAGUUAUGAUCAUAUUAUCUAUGAAUCUUAUUUGAGUUUCUUCUGAUCUCUCUUAUGCAUGAUUUCAUAUCCUUGUAAUUCUCUUCGAGUUGUGGGUUUUGUCUAGCCAACUAGAUCUAUAAUUCUUGCAAUGGGAGAAGUGCUUGGUUUUGGGUUCAUACCGUGCGGUGACCUCACCCAGUGACUGAAGGGGUAGCGAGGCACAUAUCGUGUUGAUGCCAUCAAGGGUAAAAAGAUGGGGUUUUCAUCAUUGGUUUGAGAUUAUCCCUCUACACCAUGCCAUCUUGCUUAAGGCGUUACUCUGUUCGUCAUGAACUCAAUACACUAGAUGCAUGCUGGAUAGCGGCCGAUGUGNGAGACGAUAGAAGGAUCCCUGGCACCACUGCCAGGGAAGAACUUUUGUUGCCGUAGCACCAUCCCAGUGCCAUCUUGUGAAGGCAAAAACCCUCCCUAUGUACUAGACAGAGCUGAGGCAUCGGGAAUCCCAUUCCCGUCGAGGGGAGUCAUAUACACAGGCUCGCCGACGGAUAUCGAGGGGAUGAAAGAUUUCCCUAGUGGCCUUGCGAGAGGGGAAAGAACUUCGUCUACGUGUGGAUGGUUACUAUGAUAGUUCAAUUAAUUAUACCAAAAAACACAUAAUUUAUUUUGAGAAACCUUACAAAUGCAGACAUUCACAUACAUGCAUGUACACCAUCCCUUUCGAUGUACACACUCACACUCUACGUCUAUGAACAUUUUGAAGAGAGUGAGCCAGCAGACCUUAUGAUAAAAUGAAAAAUAUUUUUCCCGCACCACUCAAAUGGCAUCCUUAGACAAUUAGUAAUCAAGAAACCUUGUGCUUAAAAUGAAACCAAAAAUAAGGAAAGCUGGAAAAAGGUUGUGUGGCAACCACCCUAUGACAGGAAGGACUGAAACUUCGAGCAGACACAAUGCAUCCGACGGCCACAACCUUUGAAAUAGAUAUGGCAGUGGCUGCAACAAGGCCAUUACCAUGUACAACAAAUAAAGUGUGAGUUUACCAAAACAAUGCCUUCAACAAACCCAUUGCCAGGUAUAACCGAUAAAGGCCUGACCAUUAGUUUUCACCCUCGGAAUCAAAACUCGGUACUCGUGGACCACCACAAAAGGUGAAGUCCUCCAGUGUUGCCACCCCCGCUUGCUGAGACCGCUGUUGCAAGUCACCAAACACCUCCCACAUAGUCUUCAUCGCAUCCAAUAGACCCUUCCAUCAAAGCUUAAGACCUCCAAUCACAACGGCUAUGACUUUCUCCACCUCUAUUCAAGCCUUAGAAAUCAUAACAUAGACAUGUCCCAUGACACCCGUAAGAAAUCGAAGCUUCGCGCCACGCGCUCUCGGCGUUGUGUUUGAUAAUAAUAUUAGCGCGUGCAACAGGAGCCUUUCUGGUCUAGAUAUCUAGGGACGACAAACGUCAUUCUGUAUAGAUCUCUGAGGGGGAAGACCGGAAUGCGUCAGCGAUCAGAUCCAAGAGGUCGACAUUCGGUAGAAAGACAACUAGGCGGAACAACAGUGCACCAUUGUUAGGCCGAACCACACUCACCCGCGUCCAAAGAAAAACGAGCCACUCCGCAUGAGACCAAACGCUUCAGCCACCGUACCGAGCAUCACUCCGCAUGAGGCCAAACACCCCUGAACAACCUCCACCUUAGGCACCCAUGGCGCCAGGUCUCGAAUCCGCUCCCGGUGAGGAACGAGUCAUCGUACGACGUAGCAUCAAGCAGAGACUAUGCAUGCACUCUGGUCUAUUCGAUCCGUAGUGAUCACGAUGUUCAUCUACGUGAUUGCCAUACCACUAAGAGGUCAUGGUUGAUCGCAUCAUUUUGCAGGGUGCUUCAUCAUCAUGAAAUGAAUGAAUACGCAUCUUCCUUUUUGGGAGAAUAGCUCCCAUGCGACGUUUUUGAUGUGUGUUAUCUCUCAUGCGACGUCAUUGGUUGUAAUGGCUCUUAUGCGACAUCUCCCAGUGCAGAAAUAGCUGUCGUGCGACACUGCUGCCUAAUCGAAAGCCACAUGUUUAAAACUCGAAUCAGGUGAGCCCCUACGUAACAAAGCGGGACCCACAGCAUGGGAUCCAGUAACUUAUCCAGCUCAGCAUUGGUACAAGAGCAAUACCGCGACCUUCUCAUCCUCGCCGCGCUCCCCGACCGUUGUUGUUCUUAUUUUCCGGCGACGACGGGCAUCAACGUUGUUCGGGGCCGCGACCUAGCAAUGUCGAGCUCCGCUUCAGCCUCCCACCGCUCAUGGUCGCGCUACGGCAAAGUGCCCAUGACAAGGUGCCCUGCAUGUCCACGGACCGCACCCCUAAAGCGGCUAGUCACAACGACCGACAAGAAUGGCAACCUUGGGCGGGAAUUCGUGAAAUGCGAGAGCAAACAAGAGCAGGGAAAGGUGAUAUUUUACUUCUCAAUGUGCCAAUUUCGGUUUUUGUCCCCCAAUUUCAUAUUUUUCAUCGGAUUUGGGAUUUAGGGUUCAUCUUUGCGAUUUCAGAAAUUGAAGCAAUGCGCCCAUUUUGAGUGGCUAGAUGAGUACAUAGAGCGGAUUCAACUUGAGGGUGCUUCACAGGAGCUCGAUUUACCGUUGGAGGCGGAGAAGUUUGGAUCUGGGGCCCCUGGAUCUGGCAAUUCCAUUCGUGCUACUGUGGGGGAUGCAGCAGGGAUGGCAGAGCUGAAGAAGCUCAAUAAGAAGAUGAAGAAACUAAUCGAAUUGAAGAAGCAGGGCAAUUUGAUGGCCGGAAUUUUUUAUGUUUGUGUAAUUUCUCUCGCAUUUGUUUAUGUGAUGAUAAUUAGUCGUUAGUGAAUAGAUCGGGUAUCAUCUGUAAUCGUAAUGAUAUGGAUGUUUGAAUAAAACUAUUGCGAUGUACGAAUUCGGCAUGUUUUCUCGUCUUCUCCACUCUGUUUCGGCCCCGUUUUUACAGUUCUGCAGUUCGUCGUCAGUUUCAGUUUCGGUGGUAGAGGGAAAAAAGGAAAAAAAAAGGUUCGUCGACAAUUCCCCGAAAAGGCCCGGCCCAUGUAGAAGGUAGGCAGGGCCGAAUAGAACAUAUUCAGGUCCAUUGACAAAAAAGGUGUAGCUAGUGCAAAAAAAAGUGCACACGGUCAUUGACAUCGAUAUAUGCAGGUCCAUUGAUAAAUAAGUUGUAUCUAGUGCAAAAAAAAGUGCACAGGGCCGAAUAGGAAACCAUCGCUUAUUAUAGUACUCCCUCCGUCACAGUUUACAGGGUGCGCUUCAACAAUCUCGCAUGCACUGGUGGAGACCCGGCGAACAGAACUGCAUGCACUUAUUCCAUCCCCCGCAUACAUAUCUGCAUGGAGAGAAAAUUGUGGGCUUUAUCCCCCCCCCCCCCCCCCGCAUGCAGUUAUUCCACCCCCCGCAUACACAUCUACAUGGAGUUAAACCAAACACGUCUAAAAUCUCUACGUGCCUAGGUUGCAGUGCACCUUCUAAUAAGACUAAUGCACUAAAACGGAGGGAGUAUCAUUUGACCGCACACAAGAAUAAUAUGACUAAUGCAUAUAAUAUGACUUGCAUGUCAUAUACUCCCUCCGUUUCUUUUUAGUCCGCAUACAAGAAUGUGCACCGAAACGGAGGGAGUAUCAUUUGACCGCAUACAAGAAUAAUAUGACUAAUGCAUAUAAUAUGACUUGCAUGUCAUAUACCCCCUCCUUUUCUUUUUAGUCCGCAUAUAAUAUGACUAAUGCAUAUAAUAUGACUUGCAUGUCAAAGUCAAAGUUAGCCUCGAAAAGCGCAUUUGGGGAGUAGGUUGUUAUGGUGUUUUCAAAGUUUGUGCAAUGGUGUUUUCGAGCAGUUCUCUGUCGUUUCUAUCGGGAGACAUUAAUAUAUUGCAUAAUGCAUAAAACAUUGAUAUGUUCCGAGUAGGUUGUUAGGGUUUAGGGUUUAGGUUUAUGUGAAAAAUGUUCUUCCCUCCUCACUCAUGGUUCUCCGGCAAAGAUAGUGACAAUCCAAACAGCCCCUAAUAUAGUGCAUAAUGCAUAAAACAUAAAACAUAAAACUAGAUAGAAAUAUUACGAUAAAACAUAAAACAUAAAAUAUAAGGGGCAUCAGGUACCCUAGUAGCAUACAACAUAUAAAAAUACUAGAUAAAAUAUAAAAAGACGGUCACACACGCCCCAACUACUAGAUAAAAAUAUAAAAACACUCCUCGGCCAGCAGAAGACUCCUCGGCCAGCAGAAGUCUCCUUGGCCCCUCCUUCGUCGGCGCCCCUCACUCGCUGUUCUCCGGGGGUGGCAUCUGGUAGGGGAGGGCGUGCAUGUCGUUGGGCUCGGGGAAGAUGUGGUGGAAGUUGGUGAAGAUGUUGUAGGUGGUGAACGCGAUGAACUCGCAUCCACACCAAAACACCUGGCCGAGGAGGUGGUACGUGUCGUAGCGGUUGGGGAAGGUGACGUAGAGGCCGAUGACGAAGCCGUUGGGGUUCCCAUCGACCUGCUCGUGGAGGUGGAACAUGGGCGGAGUGCCCGGAGGGAGGUUGCGGUAGCCGGCGUGGAGGAAGAAGCUAGCCAACUCUCUAGGGCCCCUCCACCUUGAGAUGGCCCAGAUCCUCUGGCCAUUCUCGACCACUUCGCCGGGCGGGAACUAUCUCUCCGGCACGGUGCGAGGGCGACGGUAGGUCCGGCCGUUGAAUUGCAUCGUGGCUCGAGUGCGGGUUGGAUUUCGCUCGGAAAGAAGAAGAGGAGGAGGCUUGAGAGGUGAGUGUGAGAGGGAUGAGGAUAUGGUGCCCUUUUAUAGCCCCGUUGCAGCCGUAGUCAAUGUACACGAUUGAUCAUUUUCUCUCCUCCGCGUGGUGGAAUAAUUAAUGGGCGUGCAAAAAAAGGCAGAGCAUCCAAAAAGGCACGGGCGGCACAGGCGAGAUGCUUCGUUUUUAAUUGCCGUGAAAACUGUGUCACCAACGCGUCCGUCCCGUGUUCUGAGGUUCGUGCAUGCAAUUGUUAAAAACAGCUUAGAUGCGAUGUACCGCUGCGCCCGUGCCGCCCGUUUUAAUGCGUUGCUGCAUGGCGGCUAGACUGUGUUCAUUUGGCAGAAUAGCUAGGUUGCGACACCGUUGCAUGGCAUGCAGGGUGGCCCAUCUCGCUGCGACGCACACCAGGCUCUGCCGGGCCGAUCCGCUCGGCCCAACGGUCACUGAGAUGCUCCCCCGCUCAACGUUAUCCGCUCGGCCCAACGGUCACUGAGAUACUCCCCCACACCCGUGGCCUAUCCGACGGCCGCAGUUUGGCAUUAGGGUUAGAUCGACGGUGGACAUUUCGCGUUAGGGUUAGAUGGGAUUUGGAGGCAGUCAACGGGGUUUUGAAAGGUUUGACCGAACAUUCAAAUAUGUGUAACUAAUUCAAAAAAAAUCUAAAAAAUGAAAAACCAGCGCAUAUAGUCUUGUUAUGUUACGUAGUUAUGAUAUAAAAUGAUAAACUUGAUGUAAUGAUCUUUGCAUAAAAAAACCUUCACAAAUUGGACUAUCGCGACUGAGGUUGCAUAGAGUUCAAAAGAGUGAGAAGAGGGUUUUAGGUUUUGAAAAUUCAAAAAAACAGAAACCCUCACCUUUUAGCUUCAUUUUGGAGUGACUAAGCACGAUGUGAAGUUAUUUUUGCAUUUUGAAAUUUUUAAACUUGUUGGUGACUUUGUAUUAAAGGGUGUUUUUCAAAGAUAAAUUAAUAAUAUGAAUACUUAUUCAAAAAAAGGUGAGACUUCGUAUUGAUCAUAUAUAGGUAUAAUAUAAGCGAAGACAAUCUUUUUGGGUGAUUUUGAGAAGGUGUUAGGGUUAGAUGGGGUUUGCAGGAAGUCAACAUGGUUUUGAAAGGUUUGACUGAACAUUCAACUAUGUGUAACUAAUUCAAAAAAAAAUCUAAAAAAUGAAAAACCAGCGCAUUUAGUCUUGUUAUGUUACAUAGUUAUGAUAUAAAAUGAUAAACUUGAUUUAAUGAUCUUUGCAUGAAAAAACUUUCACAAAUUGGACUAUCUCGACUCAGGUUGCAUAGAGUUCAAAAGAGUGAGAAGAGGGUUUCAGGUUUUGAAAAUUAAAAAUAUCACAAAACCUCACCUUAGCUUCAUUUUGGAGUGACUAAGGAGGAUCUCAAGUUAUUUUUUCAUUUUAAAUUUUUAAACUUUUUUUGUUGCUGACUUUGUAUUAAAGGGUGUUUUUUCAAAAAUAAAUUAAUAAUAUGAAUACUUAUUCAAAAAAAGGUGAUACUUCGUAUUGAUCCUAUAUAGGUAUAAUAUAAGCUAAGAAAAUCUUUUUGGGUGAUUUUGAGAAGGUUAAAAAAAGCGUGCUUAGAAAUGGGGUCGUUUUCCCUUACUUUGGAGCCUGUUUGGACAACAUUUUCAGUGACUAUGAGUUGGACUUCGCAAAAAGGGUUGGAUUUAUGAACUAAAGUGCAUAGUAGUAUAUAAAAAAUUGAAACAUCACAAAACAAACAAAUGAACUCCAAAAAUAUUGGAGAUAGGUUCAAAUUUGAAUGUCGGUUCAAAUUUGAAUUUUAUUUUCAUGUCAAAUCAACAAAAUAGCACAGAAGUUUUACAUCAAAGAACAUAAGUUUUCACAUCAAAUGACAACAAAUUUAAGUUUUCAAAUCAAAUCACAUCACAUUUGAAUAAUUUCGACUCUAUUUCUUUUGCUUCUUUCUACCACUCGAUUUCUUCUCCUUUUUUCCACUGUUUGGUUCCACGGCGCACAGUUUGUUGAUGCUGAUACAUUUGGUAUUCUUGCCAACAACUCCACUAGGCCCCCUCAACUUUUGCACCUGACCAUGUCCCACUUCUUCAGUUUGCACUUCUGCAGAUUGAGUAGAUGGCACACAUUGUUCAACUUAUUCAGUUUGCAACUCAACAAUUGGCAGCACAACCUCCAAACAUGGCAACACAGCUGUCAAAGCAGAUUUAGUAACAGUUUCAGUUUGCAACUCAACACUUGGCAGCACAAUCUCCAAACAUGGCACAACAUCCACGCAUGUCAGCACAACAGUUGCUUCAUCUGCAACAGUUUCAGAUUGUCCUAGCGCCUGCAAAAAAGAUUCAGUAACAGUUUCAGUUAGCUCAUGUUCAGCAGUAACAGUUUCAGUUUGCUCAUGUUCAGCAGUAACAGUUUCAGUUAGCUCAUGUUCAACAGUAACAGUUUCAGCAGUAAUAGUUCUCUUCCUUCUAAAGCCAUUGAGUCUUGCUUUUUUCACUGGCCAGCAUUGUUCAACAACAAGAGGUGGGCCUUUUUCUGCACGCUUCCUCCUAAGAUAUAAAGCAUUUCACUUGGUUAGAUCCUAGAACAAGUAGCAAAAUCAAAACUUGCAAAAACAGUAACAUAAAAAUACUUUGGCCUCUGAGGAGUGUAGAUGCAUUUGGAUGAACCAAUUCAGUGCCCAAGUACCUCACACAACUUGCACCUAUUUUUGUUACCUUGUUGAGCCCUUUUGGGAUUUUCAUUCUUUUCCUUUUCCCCUUCCUACUACAACCACCUUUCUCAAACCAAUCUUUGAAUCUGCUCUGUUUUGGCCUCCCAACCUUUCUUCUAGUGACAGGGGACACAAGGUAAAUUCUAUUUCCACCUCAGGCCACUGAGAUUGGUCAGUCAGUGCAGGAAUCUGACUUGGAUAUGCAGCUUUGGAUUUUUGUACUGAAUAAUACUCAUGCAAAUAGGGGUGCAUAUUUAACCUGGGUUUAGAUGCCAAAAAAAGUAUUGCAUGCUCACAUGGUUUUCCAGUGUGUUGCCACUCUUGGCAAGUGCACUCAUGCAACUCAGUAUUUACCACGUGCCUCUUGUCACUCUUUGUAUCUCUAACUUCUGCACCCCACAAGGAAGAUUUCUCAAUAGAUAGAUGUGAAAGAUUUCUACUCUUGUUGACCACCUGUUGUACCACUGCUGGAAGCUUGUCCCCUUCCAAAAUAUUAGCAAUUUUUCCUCUCAACUCCCACAAAUGCAUGAUCAUGAUCCUUAUUUGGCCCACCAUGUCAUGCACAGGCAAGUCUUUCAAAUCCUUCACUUUGUGGUUAAAACUUUCUGCCAAGUUGUUAUUGAUAUGAUCACAUUUUAUGGCAGUAUUAAAACCUGAUCUGUACCACAACAGAGAAUGGUGGUUGUUCAACCAUGAAGCAAAUUCAUUAUCACUACAUGAUGUCAAUAUCUUACCAAGGUGAUAGGAAUGUGUCUCUCCGGUGUACGAUCUUGCUGCCGGCCACAUGCGCCCAAAUCCAUCUACGCAAGGCUUCAAACACAUAAAAAACUUGCUGAAAAAACCUUGCCAUCCUCUGUUACCUCUGUAUCCAUCUCCACCACGCUUCUAGGUGACCUCUUCUCCACCUCUGCUUUAAAACUAUACAACAUCCUAAAUGUAUUUUCCCAGUCACCAUACAAUGAUUUCAUGGCCCUUUGUUUUGCUUUCCACACUAUGGUAUAUUGCAGUUGGAUGGGGUAUAGCUUCUCCAAGUCAACUUUAAGCCUCUUUGUAGUACUGUUUGGAGUCUUGGCUAAAAUAGGAGUAAUCUUCUCUGUAAUCCAAAGUUGUGAUGUCAUCUUUGAAACUCUCUGUGAAGUGGUCAUACAUGUAUGCUCGUGUGGUAUUUGAUUUACCGUUACUCUACUUCCAUCAGGUUGUAGUCUGGCAGAUAUGUACCAUUUGCAAGCAUUGCCACCACCAUCAUAACCUUUGCACCGAGCAUAAAAUUUCUUUCGAUCAGUCCACAUAUUCUUGGCCUCGAACUCUUUUUUCACUGCAUAGGUCCUGAAAGACAUCCUAAACUCAACCAUGCUUGGCCACAACUUUCCCACCUCAAUAACUGGGUUCUCUUUGUCAGACAAACAAACCAGCUCAUUAUCAUUUGUAUCAUCCACAUCAUCUGCAGCCAUUCUCAUCAGCUCUUGUUCAUCCUUAUUUGCAUUUCUAGGCCCGUGUUACCACCAGCAGGCAAAGAAUUGUCAUCCUUCUCCUUAUCUUUGUCAUCAACUUGAAUGCCAAACAUUUCAACCAUAUCAAUGUCAGAUAUUGGUGCAAUUACCAAAUCUGUUUUUUCAUUGGACUCUACUACAUUCCAGUCAACAACAAUCUUCCUAGCACCAUGGGUUCCCUCCUCUCCAUCUGCAUCAAUCCCUGUAUCAUCAUCUAGUACAGUCGGUUCAGUCAACAAUGCCAACAUACUAUUCUUUUGUGAAACCCACACAUCAUCUUCCAACUGUGCAGCCAUCUUUGAUGGCACAUAACCAACUCUGGAAUUAGUUUGCAGAUCAAUUAGCUCUGCAUAAAAUGUUACUUGUUUGCAUGCCCACCGUUCUUGCUGAUCAAUUUCAGCAACCAUGGAUUCUCCAUCUUCAAUUCUAACAUAUUCACCAUAAUAGUUGUCGAAACGUUGCAGAGAUAUCUCUUGUUCUGGACCCCAAACAAUACUCUCCCCAAUUCUCUCCACCAAAUUUCCCACGGCCUUCUCCUUCAUGCCCUCUAAGUCCUGGGGAUCAACAUCUGCACUUCGACAUCCAACCUCACGGAGGUAUCUCUAUAAAUGUCUUGGACACUGCCAUCACUAAGCUUGGUUUUACAGGAAAAAAUGCACUAUAAUUGCGAAUGUGGUGGUAGAACCAGAACCUCCCCUGUUUUGUCAAUGGCGGGCAGCGGCAGUGUAAGACGGUCACUAUCAAAUCGAGUUUGAUAACAGCUAAAAGAGAAAAGAGGGAGGGGCGGCAUUACCGAUUUGAAGCACUGUCUCCUCGCUCCAUCUAAUUCAGCCCACGCGCUCCUAUCCAAUCGAGAUUCUAAAUCGCCAAGAAAUAGAGCAUGAGGCCACAGAUCUAUCCAAAAAUCUGGGGAUUGGGACUAGGGUUUCGAAAAUACUCACUCGCAAUAGAUCUGCCGCUGCCGAGACAGGCGCUCCACCACCGCGAAGAAGAAACUGCUACCUCUGCCGGAGAAGAUGCACACGGCGGCGCUGCUCGCCCAGUCGUGCACGAUCGAGUCGAGUAUGGUCAGACAGUCACCGAUCGAGUAGUGGACGGUUGACUCUUGACGACGUGGCCGUAGGUGGACCCCACCAGUCAAAGCACAUUCCUAACCAAAUCUCAGCCUAACUAACAGCCAGCCAGCCCCGUAAACGGGUUGAGUUGCUUAAGCUAUUUCUGCGCUGGAAGAUGUCGCAUGAGAGCCAUUACAACCAACGACGUCGCAUGAGAGAUAAUUCAACUCAACGACGUCGGAUGGGAGCUAAUGGCCCCUUCCUUUUUUGUGGGCUAGAUUCAACGAUGAUACAAAAUCAUGAUGGACUCACCAUACGUAAUUUAUGAGUUCACUCGGGACGACAUGGACAGAGCAAAAUGGACAACAGAGGAUUCUAAAACUUUAGCUAUGGAUUAAAACAAAGUCUUACCUUGCUUGGACACCCAAUUAAGUAGCAUUUCUACUCACAAAAAAAAAAGCAUUUCCAACACUUUUGUAGUCCAAUGAAUAAUUGUGAAUAAAACAUAUAAAAGGUCAUGAUGACACACAUCACACAUGCAGCAAAUAUAUGUUAAUUACCUGCAUGAAAUGUUAUAAAAUGAAGCACCAAAGUUUACAAGCAAGCAUAAUUGGUUGACAAGUUUGUAUUAUAUAAAAGUGGAUAAAGGAUGUACGAUUAACAUUCGUCGUGCCUGUGCCACUGAACCUAAAUCGCCCAUCAACAAAGGAACUUCUUCGUGCACCUUUGAAGCGUUACCCGUCGGAAUAUGAAGCGAAAAGAAUAAUAGAGUACAUGCAAGGCUGGAAAAGGAUUUGUGGCAAUCCCACAUUGACACGGACGACUGAAAUUUUCGGCACACACAACGCAUCCAACGGCCAUGCCUCUUACACUAAUCCGGGGAGAUAAGGAAACCAGGCAACCAACAAACGCCAGCCACCCCUUCCACAUCUUGAUUAAAGAUAGGAGCUCACAUGGCUAUAUAUACCGUGGUGAACAGGCAAUGGGGGCCUCAAGUGUAGCCGGCAUCCUCCUCUCUACAGUUAAUACAGUACCAUGGCCCCCGCCGUGAUGGCUUCGUCGGCUACCACCGUCGCACCCUUCCAGGGGCUCAAGUCCACAGCUGGUCUCCCUGUCAGCCGCCGCUCCAGCGCCAGCCUCGGCAGCGUCAGCAAUGGCGGAAGGAUCAGGUGCAUGCAGGUAUGUCGGGGCACAAAACUGAUAUGAGUUUCUUCCACAUUACAAUUACUGCACUUAGCAGUUACUAGCACUAAGUGUUAAGCGUUCCAUAAUUUCCAAUCAUUCAGGUGUGGCCGAUUGAGGGUAUCAAGAAGUUCGAGACCCUGUCUUACUUGCCACCCCUCACCACGGAGGCCCUCCUGAAGCAGGUUGACUACCUGAUCCGCUCCAAGUGGGUGCCCUGCCUCGAGUUCAGCAAGGUUGGCUUCGUCUUCCGUGAGCACAACAGCUCCCCCGGGUACUACGACGGCCGAUACUGGACAAUGUGGAAGCUGCCUAUGUUUGGGUGCACCGACGCUACACAGGUGCUUAACGAGGUGGAGGAGGUCAAGAAGGAGUACCCUGACGCUUACGUACGUAUCAUCGGCUUCGACAACCUGCGGCAGGUGCAGUGCGUCAGCUUCAUCGCCUUCAGGCCACCGGGUUGCGAGGAGUCCGGCAAGGCAUAAACUACGAGGUGAAAGAAUGGCCUAUGUCGUAUGAAGGUCNGCAAGGCUGGAAAAAGGAUUUGUGGCAAUCACACAUUGACAUGGACGACUGAAAUUUUCGGCACACACAACGCAUCCAACGGCCAUGCCUCUUACACUAAUCCGGAGAGAUAAGGAAACCAGGCAACCAACAAACGCCAGCCACCCCUUCCACAUCUUGAUUAAAGAUAGGAGCUCACAUGGCUAUAUAUACCGUGCUGAACAGGCAAUGGGGGCCUCAAGUGUAGCCGGCAUCCUCCUCUCUACAGUUAAUACAGUACCAUGGCCCCCGCCGUGAUGGCUUCGUCGGCUACCACCGUCGCACCCUUCCAGGGGCUCAAGUCCACAGCUGGUCUCCCUGUCAGCCGCCGCUCCAGCGCCAGCCUCGGCAGCGUCAGCAAUGGCGGAAGGAUCAGGUGCAUGCAGGUAUGUCGGGGCACAAAACUGAUAUGAGUUUCUUCCACAUUACAAUUACUGCACUUAGCAGUUACUAGCACUAAGUGUUAAGCGUUCCAUAAUUUCCAAUCAUUCAGGUGUGGCCGAUUGAGGGUAUCAAGAAGUUCGAGACCCUGUCUUACUUGCCACCCCUCACCACGGAGGCCCUCCUGAAGCAGGUUGACUACCUGAUCCGCUCCAAGUGGGUGCCCUGCCUCGAGUUCAGCAAGGUUGGCUUCGUCUUCCGUGAGCACAACAGCUCCCCCGGGUACUACGACGGCCGAUACUGGACAAUGUGGAAGCUGCCUAUGUUCGGGUGCACCGACGCUACACAGGUGCUUAACGAGGUGGAGGAGGUCAAGAAGGAGUACCCUGACGCUUACGUACGUAUCAUCGGCUUCGACAACCUGCGGCAGGUGCAGUGCGUCAGCUUCAUCGCCUUCAGGCCACCGGGUUGCGAGGAGUCCGGCAAGGCAUAAACUACGAGGUGAAAGAAUGGCCUAUGUCGUAUGAAGGUCUUUUGUGAACUUCACUUUUGUCCACGACUCUGCUUUCCGACCAGAGCAUAAUUUUCUUCUCUAUGAUCUGUGUAUGUACGAGCAUAGGUUGUGGAGCAUAUAUGCAUAUGUAAAUUCUAGCACCGCCUACACAUAUACAACACCUGUGUCAUAUUUAUAAUAUAUACAACAAGCGGACCAUUGUCUUGCUGUUAAUUAUCGGAAAAGUUUAUUUUAUUUAGCACUGCAAUGGAUGUCUCACAGCUAGUGGGUGGAAGAUUUCAGUAUUUGACAUUAAGACCCACUGAUUGACAAUUGCAAUUUUCAGUUUCUUUACUUAUAUCAAUAACAAAAUAAUUGUGGUAUCUUUUCCAUGUCACUACCAUCAUUUUCAUCGGUUUUUGCUAGUAGAAUAGGAUGACACAUAUUCUUAGUAGAGACACUUACUAAAGAACGUGUGAUGGUCUGGAUAAUAAGCAUCUAACUGACUAGAUAUAGCAACAACAUUCGAACCAUAUUAUGGAUCUAUUGGAAUAAAUCUCGAACAUGCAUUGCAUGAGCUCCUUGAGAAGGAUUGUAAUCAUGCUAGUGAAAAUCAAGAAAAAAAACUCGGAUUUCUGUAAGUACUAUGGAGCAACAGCUCCACCGUCCUUUAUUCCAUGAAAACAAAAGCAGGCAAGAAAUAUUUACAAAGGGAACAAAGGAAAAAGAAAAAAACACUUACCUACUUACCUAUUUAUCUAAUGGAGGUUAGAGCAACCUCAACCGGACGAUCCAAAUGAAUGUGUGUUUUGCCCACGUUCUGACCGUUUGGGACGGCAUGUCCGCCCUGUUUUUCUUUUGGGUCGGCCGUGUGCCCAAGCGCCGACCAUCUUUCGUUAGCACGACAGGCUUGCAGGCAUUUUUUGAUCGCUUUGUCAUGUAUGUAUACAAUUUGAUCCUAUAUUAACAAAGUUAUGUAAAAAUACAAAACGUUUCAUAGUUCAGACACCACAUAAAUAUCUCAUACACUAGUAGAGAAAUGAGCUAUAGUCCCGGUUGAACACGACCUUGGACUAAAAGUCCCACCACGUGGCAGCAAGUGCGCUGGGGGUGGGGACCUUUAGUCCCGGUUGGUGACACCAACGAGGACUAAAAGGCAGCCAUGCGCUAGCACUGCUAAGCCCUGUGGUUUAUGUUUUUUNNNNNNNNNACACAUAUUGAUAUAAAACAUCAGUACAAAUUUUGGAAGAACGACAUCCAACAUCAAUACAAAUUAGAUGGAUGCAAGAGACCAAGUUGAAUUAGAGGAAAACACGAUGUUGCGAAUCGCAACAUGGUGUUUUCCUCUAAUUCAAUUUGGUCUAUUGCGUCCGUCUAAGGAAGGAUCGUCGUGCCGCUGAGAUGGUUGGCCGGUAGCUCGCUGGAUCUCAAAUUCCUCUAGUUUCGCUAAUCUUGCAGUGAGCUUCUGCAUUUCGGUUGCUUACUCUUUUUCUUUCUCUGUCGGCUUCUAUAACCAUCGCUUCGGGAAACCCAUGCACCGACGGAACAGAGCAUGAUUUGCCUCGUGUUCGUCUAGGGUGUUCGGGAUUCCCGAGGGCCUUUGUCAGCUCGUCCUUCUCUCUAUGGGGAAUGAUAGUUCCUUCCCGCGCUGCCUUGAAUGCAUCCUCAAGCUUGGUAAUGGGUAUUGCAAGUAAUUCGUUCGUCCAAACACACUUCCUUGAUUCUGGGUCCAAAGUUCCCCAAACCCCGAAGAACCAAGUCCUUGACCGAUCUGGCCAGUGCAAUGUCACUAGUUGGAACCCUUCAGCAAGCAGGUCUUGCUCAACAUUGUCCCACAACGGCCGGGCUUUGCUGUCGCCACCUGACCCCGUGGUAUGGUGAUACUUCUUCAAUGCAUCAUUUUUCUUGUUUGUCUCUGACCUUUGCUUACACUUGUUCGAUUUCUUGUAGGCCACAAAUGCGGUCCAGUGAUCUCUGAUCUUCUUGUAUUGACUGACGAACUCUAGAGUUUCGUCUUUCUCGAAAAACUUUGUGUUCAAAUGUUUCCUCCAGUUUUUCAAUAGUUCUGGCAUCUUCUUAAGAGCAAACGCCUUGACCUUUCUCUCUAUAACUUUGUUAUUCGGAUCCUCCCCAGGCGGUAGGCUGAAAUUUGUCAUCAGCGAGGUCCAAAGAUCAUCUUUCAGUCUAUCAUGGACAUACGAAACUUCAGGGUCCUUCUUCUUAUUCCAUUUUGUGGAUUGUGAUUGGGACGCUGUCCCUAACAAGAACUCCGCACUGAUGUACAAAUGUGUUCUUCGUCCACGUGGGAGCAAUCGGUUGGCCAUUUUCCGCGACUUCUGUGAUCGUGAACCUUUCAUCGUCGCACAACCUUUUCUUCGGGCCUCGUCUCGUUACGGAAGUUUGGCUCGAUCCAGAGGGAUAAAAGAAGAAAGAAGCGUUCAUAUAUGUACAUACCAAAACAAUUAAUGCAUCAAGUCAGCACAUGCUUAAUUAAUAUAUAUGAAUAUAUAUAGAUAUACCAUGGCGUACUUUGCAAUAGUUAAGGAUCCCUCCUCUGUUCGGUCACCGGAGCCGUCACCAUGAUCUCCUUCCUCCGACAUUCAGUCACCAGAGCCGUCAUGACCUACUUCCUCCUCCAUUGUUGGAUCACCGGAGCCAUCAUCCUGUCCUUCUUGACCAUCGGUGUCGUUGAGAAACGACAAGGGAUCACCUCCGUCACAGAUUAUAUCCGCCAACAUCUCUUCUUGUUCCAAGUCUCUUUCCAUAGUUUCUGCAAAUAUUACAACAUGGCAAUAUACAAACAUGCAUGAGAGAUGGAUUAGUGGAAAAGAUGGACUUAAUAUCACAAGAAGGAAUCAUAUGCAUAUGAGCAAUAGAUUAGUGGCGAACAUCGUCGAGGACUCCUCCCCCUCAAGUCUGAUGAGUCGUCCUAUAUAUCUUUCGAGUGAGGAUACUUUGCGGACCGCCUCUCUCAUGCACGUCCGAUGUCCCCCCUCAUGUCGAAGUUAUCGGGGUUAUACUUUCAGGAGAGUACACUAUAUAUUAUUAUACAUAACAACUACGAGUAGAGGCGGGAGGGGGUAGAUCGACAAUGACGCUCUUUCUUCUAGGGUUUGGGUGACCUCGAUAGUUGGUCGGGCGAGCGGACCGCCUCUUUGUUAUGUAUGUGAGACGUCCCCCCUCAUGUUGUCAUUCUAGUAUUGUUUCACUAUUUUAGUAAAAAAGAGAUUUGUAAAUUUUUAUUCAUACUUCAUGCUGAAUGGAUUUGUUCUAGUUCUUCUCAUUUCUUGUUGGGCUUUCGCACCUGCUUUUUUCCUAUUAAGAAUAUAUCAACUAUAGGAAUGGGAGCGUCACAUUUACCUUUAAAAAAAUAGCUUCACAUUUUCAUUUCAAAAAAGGACUUGUUAUCAUGUCUCUGGUGCAUAGACUUAUAGACAAAAUGAAUACAAGAUUUAUAUUAAGAAUACAAGACUUUCUAUUAAGAAUACACAACAUUAAUUCUUUGGAAGGCAGUGAAGAAACCUCUAUUUUCCCUCCAGUGCGAAGGGCUUAUUUCGUACAUAUGGUUUAUAUGUUGCAGGGAACAGUUCCAUCAUGGUGACGGUGUAAUUUCGAUCAACCUUACAAAAUGGAAAUAGCCAGUACAGUGGAUGAUAAUUUAGCCUUGAUUACUAAAGGGUACCGAGCUAUGAGUUACAAGUAGGCAUGCAGUGAGCCCUCUUUGAUCUCCUUAAUUAUUUUUUGCUUUUUCACGUGUUUAUGUCGCUGCAGUGGAGAGCACGACUGUAAAAUAUCUUAUGUGUAUACCCAAGCAUGGAUCAGACAACUUAACCUAUCCAUCACAGAUCACUGCGACUAUGGCAUGUGGAUGGCCAAGAUUUAUACACAAGAUGAAUAUAAGAUGAAUACACAAGAUGAACUAGAGGAUAAUGCUUUCCUCUCAAUUCUUUACAUUAGCUCGGAAUAAAAAUAUCACAAAUGAAAAUUUUGUAAUAAUUUCUUUAGGUUUCAGAAUUUGCAAAUUUCUCUAACUUUGAUAACGAAAUAUGCCUGAAGCAGUACCAUGUGAAUAUUAUGAGCAUAAUCAUCCUCAAGCACAAAAAGAAUGCCGCACAAUAUUGUAACCGAAAGAAAACGGCGGAGUCAACCAGCAAAGUGGCGGCGCGAGCGGCAUUGGGGACGGGGUCAGCGUCGGCAUCGGGGUGGGGCAGCAGCNGUGGCGGUGCCGGUGACGACAUCAGGGUCGGCGAAGAGGAGGGGAUCGGGGCGACGCUCACAACAACGAGGCAUCGGCGACGGUGUCGGGGAAGGGCUCGGCAACGGCGUGCGUCGGGGAAGGGCUCAGCGACGGCGCAUGUCAGGGAAGGACUCGGCGACGUCGUUGGUCGGGGAAGGGCUCGGCGAUGGCGAGCUCCGACAGCCUCACAUCGUCGUGGUGUUGUGUUUGACGUGGGGGAGAGAUUGAAACUGAGACCGAAACUGCCAAGUCCUGCCUUAUAUACACACACCUUUAGUCCCGGUUGGUGGCUUCGACCGAGACUAAUUAAAGGCCCCCCUUUAGUCACGGUUCAAGCCACCAACCGAGACUAAAGCUGAAUUUCAAAGGCCCAAGUGCGCGAAACCGCGAGUCCUUUGGUCCCGGUUGGUGGCUCGGACCGGGACUAAAGGGGGUCCUUUAGUCCUAGUCGAAACCACCAACCGGGACUAAAAGGCUGCUCCUGGAACUAGCGCAGGGUGGUGGAAGUUUAGUUCCACCUCGCCAAGCGAAGGGCGCUUGCAGUGGUUUAUAAGCCCUCCUACGGCUUACCUCUCCAGCUCCUCUCUAUUGCAAGCAGUACAUGCCUAACACUUUCUGUGCCCUGUUGGGCCUAAUUACCCCGUGGGCCUGCAUCCUGGCCCAAGUAUAGUUGGGUUCCUAGUCGUAUGUAGGCCAUGGUGGCCUAUUAGGAGGGCAUUUUCUUUAUUUUUUGCAAAAUUAUAUUUUGAUCAUAACCUGAGGUUUACAAAAGCUUUUUAGUUGAUUCUUUUUGUUAUUGAAGAAUAUUAUAGUUUUGUUUUAGUUGAUCACAACAAAAUAUUUUAAUUGAUUCUUUUUAGUUGAUUCCUUUUGCUAUUAGAGUUUUAUAAAAGCUUUUUAGUUUGCUAUUAAAGUUUCUAACAAAAAAUACUUUAUGAAAAUUCCUUGAGUUUGUGGUAGCAACCAACUAAAUACUUAGAGUNNNNNNNNNNNNNNNNNNNNNNNNNNNNNNNNNNNNNNNNNNNNNNNNNNNNNNNNNNNNNNNNNNNNNNNNNNNNNNNNNNNNNNNNNNNNNNNNNNNNUUGGGCUUGCGUUGGUUCUUCCCUUGAAGAGGAAAGGGUGAUGCAGCACAGGAGCAGUAAGUAUUUCCCUCAGUUUGAGAACCAUGGUAUCAAUCCAGUAGGAGAAUCUCGUCAAGUCGAGAGUACCUGCACAAACACAAAAGAGCUUGCACCCAACGCUAUAAAGGGGUUGUCAAUCCCUUCAAGAUUGUUUGCAAAGUGAGUUCUGAAGGCGGAAAGUGCAACGAAGUAAAAAGUGUAAGGCUGAAAAUAUGUUGUGGAGUAGACCCUGGAGGCCAUAGUGUUCACUAGAGGCUUCUCUCAAAAAAGCAAGUAUUACGGUGGGUGAACAAAUUACUGUCGAGCAAUUGAUAGAACCGCGCUAAGUCAUGACGAUAUGUAAGGCAAUGAUCAUACAUAUAGGCAUCACGUCCGAGACAAGUAGACCGAUACUUUCUACAUCUACUACUAUUACUCCACACAUCGGCCGCUAUCCAGCAUGCAUCUAGUGUAUUGAGUUCAUGACGAACAGAGUAACGCCUUAAGCAAGAUGGCAUGGUGUAGAGGGAUAAUCUCAAACCAAUGAUGAAAACCCCAUCUUUUUACCCUUGAUGGCAUCAACACGAUAUGUGCCUCGCUACCCCUUCAGUCACUGGGUGAGGUCACCGCACGGUAUGAACCCAAAACCAAGCACUUCUCCCAUUGCAAGAAUUAUAGANNNNNNNNNNNNNNNNNNNNNNNNNNNNNNNNNNNNNNNNNNNNNNNNNNNNNNNNNNNNNNNNNNNNNNNNNNNNNNNNNNNNNNNNNNNNNNNNNNNNCUAUGAUCUCUAAGUUGUCAUUGCAAACAUGGUUCUCUCACAACAAAGUUGAAUCUAGGUCGAUAAGCUAGUCAUAUUUACAAAAACAAAAUAGAUAGAGUUCAUACCAGCUUUUCAGUCUCAGUCACUUCAUCAUAUAUCAUCAUUGUUGCCUUUCAUUUGCACGAUCGAACGAUGAGAACGAUAAUAAGCGCAUUGGACUAAGCUGAAUCUGCAGGCAAACACAAAGGAGAUGACAAAAUAAUAUGGCUCUUUGAAAGCUAAACAGGUAAGCAUGCAUGAACAAAUAAACAUUGUAACCAAUAUAUUCUACCUUGACACAAAGAAAAAGAAAACUAUUUACACGGGAAAGCUCCCAACAAGCAAAAGAAGAGAGAAAAAUCUUUUUGGGUUUUCUCAAAAGGACACAAAACAAGAAAACAAGAAAACAAAAAGAAACUAGCAUGGAUAAUACAGUGGAAAAGUGUAAACAUCAGCUAACAAAGUGAAAGCAUAACCAUGAAUGUAAAGUCGGUGAGAACACGUACUCCCCCAAGCUUAGGAUUUUGGCCUAGCUUGGUCUACUCCCAAGGUGGGAAAUAACCAGCUCCAGGAUACUCCGGAGAAGACUGUGGAUGCCACUGCUGUGUGAGCUCCUCUGGCUCCCACUGAUAAACUGGCGUCUGGUACUCCACUGGCGGCUCGGGCAGGGGCGCCUGUGGUUGGGCCAAGCCCCAAUAUGCGUAGAUGUCCGCGGGCAUAAUAGUGUACCUCCCUGCAUGAAGAUCGAACAAAGAAGGAGCAGGCUAAGUAAUAGUCUCUCGAGUACCUUGACUAAACACCAGGUUGAAAAUCAUCCAUCUACUAGCAUCUCUAUCCAGAAAAUCAUGGCGAACCAUGCUGUCAUAAUCCAGAUACCUCUCAGGGAGAAGCAUCUCUCCUUCCUCUCCCAGUCUAAUGGGUAUCUCAAAGUGUCUGGCAAGACGGGUAGCAUAGAUACCUCCAUAGACGACUCCUUUAGAACGGUUCAGGUUCAACCGUUGAGCUACUAUAGCGCCCAAGCUAUAAGUCUUAUCGUUAUAAAGGCCUUCGCGCAGAACCACAAGGUCUGGAGAACUAUGUGAUCCAGCCUCCCCACGGCCAAUCAAACAUUUUCCCACAAAUAGUGAGAAGUACCGAAGCACAGGAAAAUGUAUGCUAGCAAUUCUAGCGCGAGACACUCCUCUCUCCUCUCCAAGAGCAAUAGAACCAAUGAAAUCCUCCAAGUCCCGUGGACGAGGAUCAUGGAUAUCCCCAACAUAAGGUAAUUUGCAUACAUUGCAAAAAUCCUGCAGCGUCAUGCACUCGGGACAUCGUAUAUCAUGAACUCAACCAUGGGAGGAUUCUUCCUCGGAUAAAAGUUGAAGCUUUGAACGAAAAUAUUGGUGAGGAGGAGGUAUUGUGGGCACUUAUCUUCAACAAACGCAGUAAGACCUGUGUUCUCCACCAAGUAAUAAAAGUCUUCAUAAAGUCCGACGACGCGCAAAAAUUCAUCACUUGGCCACUCGCACGCUCGAACUUCUGUGACCUGAGGGACUACGUACUUGGGGUGAUUCUUCUCAUCCUCCUUGGGGUUACGGCUUGAAGAGCCUCUCAAGAACCUCCUCAUCUUUUCCUUUUUCUAGCUCUGAAAAAUUCUGAAAUUUUUAGAGACUUUGAAAGAAAAGUGAAUGAAGAUUAACCCAACUUGUAGCAACUACUCCUACUAGUGCCUAGAGACCAUAUCACGCGCUAAAACUACAUGGGACCAACUAAAAUCAACAUUUCUAGCUCAAGAACAGGGUCACCAAGGUAGGAAGAAUACGCGAAGGAUAAAGCACUAGAGCAAAAACUAAUUGGACAAAUGGAGGAGUCACUUACCAAGGAGUAAUUUCCCCAAAGCGGUUCGGAGAAUGGUGCUUUAAGCAAGGAGAUCGAAAAUCACAGCCAAAUGAGGAAGAACACGAGUUUGAGCUGCGAAACAAUUUUUUCUUGGGGUGGAAGAAGAGGCUGGGAGCUGGAAUGAGUGGAGGGGGUGCGUGUGGGCCCCACAAGCUUGCACCCCGCCACCAGGGGGGUAGGUGGGGGUGGAAGGGCUUGUGGCCCACUGGUCAGGACCCCAGGCCAGCUCUCAGGCCCAGAAAUUUUCAAAAAUUCUAGAAAAAAUCAUACUAAAUUUUCAGGACCAUCGGAGAAUUUUUAUUUUCGAGGUAUUUUUCUCUGGGCCGCUAAAACGAAAAACAGGAAAAACUAAACUAAUUCUAUCAUUUUUCUUUUAAGCAAAAGAAAAGGAAAACUUAAAACAGAGGUAUGUGACUCCUUGAUUCAUCCGUUUCAUGGUCAUCGAAAGAAAUCCGUCAAUGGGAUUGAUCAAGUCCUUAUGAUAGAACCUUCUGGAAUCGCAAGAGAGAACGGAGAAUUUUUGAAUAGCCACUAAGUCACCUCAAUGGGUAUAUGUAUCUCCCCAACAAGCAAAUCAUACUUCAUCUUGACACGAGGAAUAGGGCAUUCAAAGCUCCCAAUGAGAAUCGAUGAAGUCUUUUCGAUAGCAUUGAUGCAAUGUACUGGAUAUCGUUUCUUCGGAAAGUGCACGGUGUGCUCAUUACCGUUGACGUGGAAAGUGACAUUGCCCUUGUUGCAAUCUAUAACAGUCCCUGUAGUGUUUAAAAAGGGUCUUCCGAGGAUGAUAGCCAUGUCAUUGUCCUUGGGAAUAUCCAAGAUAACAAAGUUUGUUAAGAUAGUGGUAUUAGCAACCACAACAGGCACAUCCUCGCAAACGCCGAUAGGGAAAGCAGUUGAUUUGUCGGCCAUUUGCAGAGAAAUUUCNNNNNNNNNNCUCAAGUCUAUGAUAAAAAGAGAGCGGCAUAACACUAACACCGGCUCCAAGGUCACAUAAGGCAGUUCUUACGUAGUUUCCUUUAAUGGAGCAAGGUGUAGUGGGCACUCCGGGAUCACAAAGUUUCUUAGGAGUUCCACCUUUAAAAGUGUAAUUGGCAAGCAUGGUGGAGAUCUCAAGAUCUGGUAUCUUCCGUUUAUUAGUCACGAUAUCUUUCAUGUACUUGGCAUACAGAGACGAGUAUAUCAGUUAACCGCAUCUGCAGAAAUACGGGUCUUAUCAUCUCAACGAAGCGCUCAAAAUCCUCAUCAUCCUUUUUCUUGGAUGGCUUAGGAGGAAAUGACAUAGGUCUCUGAACCCAUGGCUCUCUUUCUUUACCAUGCUUCCUAGCAUUGAAGUCAUUCUUAUCGUAUUUCUUAGGUUGUGGGUUAUUAGGAUUAACCGUAGGUUCAAUCUCCACAUCCUCAUCAUUGCUAGGUUGAGCAUUAUUAUGAACAUCGCUGUCCAUAUUGUCACCAGGUUCAUGUUCAUCACCAGAUUGUGUUUCUGCAUCAGACGCAUAAAUAUCAUUAGGUUCUUCAGGUGUGACGGUAUUUGGUGAACUGGCGUGUAGGUUUCUAUCAUCCUUCUUCUUCUCCUUAGGAUGACUAGGUGUAUCAGCAUUGAUUCCUUGAGAAUCUUGAUCAAUUCUCUUAAGAUGACCUUCAGGAUACAAAGGUUCCUGAGUCAUUUUGCCUCCUCUAGUAAUGACUCUGACAGAGUUGUCAUUUAAUUCAUCGAGCAGGUCAUUCUGAGCUUUGAGUACUUGUUCUACUUGAGUAGUAAUCAUAGAGGCAUGUUUACUCAGAAGCUUCAGAUCAUUGACAUUUCUGUCUACACAAGCACUUAAAUGGCUAAGCAUACGAGUACUUUGUUCCAAAUGUCUGCUAACAUAAGCAUUGAAACUCUGUUGUUUGGCAACAAAGUUGUCAAAUUCAUCAAAGCAUAGGCUAGCAGGUUUNNNNNNNNNNNNNNNNNNNNNNNNNNNNNNNNNNNNNNNNNNNNNNNNNNNNNNNNNNNNNNNNNNNNNNNNNNNNNNNNNNNNNNNNNNNNNNNNNNNNUUAUUUCAUAAUAUAUAUAUAUAUAUAUAUAUAUAUAUAUAUAUUUCACAACACAUAUAUGAUAUAUAUUUCACAACACAUAUAUAUAGUUCACCACACAUAUAUGAUAUACAUACAAAGUUCACCAAUGUACAUCCCAUAUAUCGAAAGAACCAACAUACAAAGUUUUACACUGUUCAUCCAUAGAUACAUAUACAUAUAGUUCGACAUUGUUCAUCAACUCAAAUUAAAACUAGAACUAAUAAGGCACUCCAUGAAUGCCAGCUUCCAUGCAUGUAGUACAUCCAAUCUGCAGAAAUGUGAAUAAGAAAGUCAGAAGAAGAACAACAUAUGAUAUUUUAGAGGAAAACAAGCUAAGAAUAUAAUAUUCAUUAGCUAACCAAGGUUCUAAUGCCAUUUUGAGCUUAUUAUGUCAUUUUGGAGCUAAAUGGGCUAAUUAUAUAUGUCAUUGUUGGGGAAAAUAAGGUAAGGAGAAUAAGAAAGAGGAGAAGAAAGAGGAGGAGGAGGAGAACAAAGAGGAGGAGGAGGAGAAGAAGAAGAAAUCAAGAAGAAGGAGAAGAAGAAGGAGGAGAACGAGGAGAAGGUCUUCUCCUCCUUCUCCUUCUUCUCCUCCUCCUCCUUCUCCUUCUUCUUGUCUUCUUCUUCUUCUUCUUCUUCCUUCUUUUCAUUUUUCCUAUUUCUUCUCCUCUUCUCCUCUUUUUGGAGCUAAAUUAUCUAAUUAUGUCUUUUUGGAGCUAUAUGGGCUAAUUAUGUCAUUUUAGAGGAAAACAAUCUAAUAAUAUAAUAUUCAUGAGCUAACCAAUGUUUUUAUGCCAUUUUGAGCUUAUUAUGUCAUUUUGGAGGAUAAUUAGCUAAGUUAUGAGCUAACCAAGGUUAUUACGAUGUUUUUACCCUAAUUAAGCUAAUUAUGUCAUUUUGGAGGAUAAUUAGCUAAGUAUGUCUUAAUUCGGGAAAAUAAGCUACGCAGAAGAAGAAAGAGAAGAAGCAAGAAGAGAAGAAGAAGGAGGAGAAGGAGAAGGAGGAGGAGGAGAAUGAGAAGGAGGAGGAGGAGAAGAAGAAGAGAAGAAGAAGGAGAAUAAGAAGGAGAACAAGGAGGAGAGAAGAAGGAGAAGAAGGAGGGAGAACAAGAAGGAAGAGAGAAGAAGGAGAAGAAGGAAGGAUCCUUCUCCUUCUUCUUCUCUUCUUCUUCUUCUUCCUUCUUUUCAUUUUUCCUAUUUCUUCUCCUCUUCUCCUCUUCUUCUUAUUCUUCUCCUCCUCCUCCUCCUCUUCUCCUCUUCUCCUCUUCUUCCUCCUCUUCUUCUUCUUCUUCCUCUUAUUUCUAUUUCUAUAUUUCUUUAUCCACUUCUUCUACUUAUUCUUCUUUUCUUAUUUUUUCUCUCUUCUUAUUUUUUCUUCUUCUCUUCUUCUCUUCUUCUUCUCUUCUUCUCCUCUUCUCCUUUUGUUGGAGCUAAAUUAUAUAAUAAUGUCUUUUUGGAGCUAUAUGGGCUAAUUAUGUCAUUUUAGAGGAAAACAAGGUAAGAAUAUAAUAUUCAUGAGCUAACCAAGGUUUUUAUGCCAUUUUAAGCUUAUUAUAUCAUUUUUGGAGGAUAAUUACCUAAGUUGUGAGCUAACCAAGGUUCUUAGGAUGUUUUUACCCUAACUAAGCUAAUUAUGUUAGUUUGGAGGAUAAUUAGCUAAGUAUGUCUUUGUUGGGGAAAAUAAGCUACGUAGAAGAAGAAAGAGAAGAAGCAAGAAGAGAAGAAGAAGGAGAAGGAUGAGAAGGAGAAGGAGGAGGAGGAGAAUUAGAAGGAGGAGGAGGAGGAGAAGAAGAGAAGAAUAAGGAGAAGAAGAAGGAGAAGAAGGAGGUGAGAAGAAGCAGAAGAAGAAGGAGAAGAAGGAGGGAGAAGAAUAAGGAUGAGAGAAGAAGGAGAAGAAGGAGGGCUCCUUCUCCUCCUCCUCGUUCUCAUGCUUCUUCUCUUCUUCUUCUCUUCUCCUUCUCUUCUUCCUUCUUCUUCCUUCUUUUCAUUUUUCCUCUUUCUUCUCCUCCUCUUCUUCUUCUUCUUCUUCUUCUCCUCCUCCUCCUCCUCCUCCUCUUCUCCUCUUCUUCCUCCGCUUCUUCUUCUUCUUCCUCUUAUUUCUAGUUCUAUUUUUCUUUAUCCUCUUCUUCUACUUAUUCUUCUUUUCUUCUUUUUUCUCUUCUUCUCCUUAUUUUCUUCUUCUUAUCUUCUUCUCUUAUUCUUUUCUACUUCUCCUUCUUAUUUCUUUUCUUCGCCUCUUCUUCUUCUCCUUCUUAUUUUUUUUCUUCUCCUCUUCUUCUUCUUCUUCUUCUUCUUCUUCUUCUCCUUCUUAUUUUUUUCUCUUCUUCUUCUUCUUCUUCUUCUACUUCUUCUCCUCCUCCUCCUCCUCCUCCUCCUCCACUUCUUCUCCUCCUCCUCUUCUUCUUCUUCUUCUUCCUCUUCUUUCUAUUAAUCUAACUAACUACAACAACUACAACAACAACAACUACUACAACAACUACAAUAACAAGAACAACUACUAUAGCAACAAUAAAAAAAUCAUCUUUUUAGUUAUAAUCGAAUUCCAAAAAUCUAAAUAACAAAUAUUUAAUUUUCCUGUGGGGUGGGGUGUGGGGGCUCACCGGCAGGGUCGGCUAUGGCGUUGUGUAUGGCGGGGCCAGGGGUGUUGGGGCGGCGGGCCAACGCCGGGGGUGUUGGGGCUGUAGGGUGUCGACGAGGGCGGUGGGGCAGCGACANNNNNNNNNNNNNNNNNNNNNNNNNNNNNNNNNNNNNNNNNNNNNNNNNNNNNNNNNNNNNNNNNNNNNNNNNNNNNNNNNNNNNNNNNNNNNNNNNNNNGAAUAUUUGUGUUCAUCCUGAAGAUGAUGUUAAAAGAAAUGCGAACAAAAGUGAGAGAGACAUGCACUUAGUUUUUUUUGUGAGAGGAAGUUGUGCGCGCAUAGACACGAUACCACACCAUUCAAGAUAAUUAACAGAAACUAGGCAUAAACAUAGACUAAGUUCAAAUCAAAAUAUGUAACUGUGAAGCCAAAUCAAACAAACGAAUAUGUUUAGCCAACCAAGCAGGAGAGCACUAACCAAACAAUGCUUACUAGCUAGCUAGUAAACUAGAACGUGACCAUCCAACGUACAUACACGCAUCAUGCAGGAACCGAUAUGAACAUUUUUCCGUAAGAGGGACAUCAAGACCUUGUUUUGGAAGGACUAAAGAGCUCAAGCAGUUAAGAGUCAAUCCUGAAGCAUGAGGCCAUGGAUAACAGUAACAACCAUGAGGAACAAUAUAUCAAAGCGUAGAAUGCAAUCAUGUGAACCAAACUUAACUCAGCAACAACUACAAGAAUGCUGGUGGCUGCAACAUACUGGUAGAAAAAAGACUAGCUGGGUGUUUAGUGCAGUAGACAUUAAACUACCACUAAUUGAGACAUAAGUGAAGGUACCAACACUGUAACAUCUUAUACUCAGGGUAUAGUAAGCUUAAAUUUCAAGAUAAAACACAAACAGAGUGCGUAUAAAUCAUCACAGGAGUCGUGCUUCAAAAUGUGCAGGCAGGAUUUUAUGUUGGCUACAUCAAUAAUCAUCAUAAUCCUAAAUCACAGUUGAUAGGGUGAGCGAAACAAAAUGCCCAAUGCCUAACCGCUGGCUGAAACCAAUUUGCACGAAAUAAAGCCUAUGAUUCGCAAAUAUCUGAAUCGUUCUCCUGUCCAUCUUAGUAACAUACAGAAAUGAAUCGCACACCGAAUAAUUGAUCCAAGAAAACUUUUGUCCUAGCCAAGAUAAUNNNNNNNNNNAAUAUCUCAAUCGUUCUCCUGUCCAUCUUAGUAACAUACAGAGAUGAAUCUCACACCGAAUAAUUGAUCCAAGAAAACUUUUGUCCUAGCCAAGAUAAUGGGGGAAACUCGAAUUUGUUUAAUGGUUUAACCUUUUUCAUCAAGGUGGGAAGCUCUGGAAAUAGUGUUUCUUUAACAAUAGUACAUAGAUGUUCUAAUAUGUAGANNNNNNNNNNNNNNNNNNNNNNNNNNNNNNNNNNNNNNNNNNNNNNNNNNNNNNNNNNNNNNNNNNNNNNNNNNNNNNNNNNNNNNNNNNNNNNNNNNNNGGAGUUGAUACGUCUCCAUCGUAUCUACUUUCCCAAACUCUUUUGCCCUUGUUUUUGGACUCUAAUUUGCAUGAUUUGAAUGGAACUAACCCGGACUGACGCUGUUUUCAGCAGAAUUGCCAUGGUGUUGUUUUUGUGCAGAAAUGAAAGUUCUCGGAACAUCCUAAAAAUUUACAAAGAAUAUUUCUGGAAAAUUUGAGAAAUACCUGCGCAAAGAUCCACCGGAGGGGACGGGCCAGUGGGCCACAAGCCCUAACGCCGCGGCCUCCCCCCUGGCCGCGGCAACCAAGCUUGUGGGGCCCACGUGGCUCUACCGCCCCCAACUCGAGCGCUAUUAUUCCCUUUCGUCCCGAAAAAAAUCAAGAGAGAAGAUUUCAUCGCGUUUGCAACACAGAGGCGCCGCCACAUCCUGUUCUUCAUCUGGUGGGCAGAUCUGGAGUCCAUUUUGGGCUCCGGAUCAAGGAGAUCGUCGCCAUCGUCAUCAUCAACCUUCUUCCCUCUCCAAUUCCAUCUAGCUCUUCAUCAUUCCUGAGUAAUCUAUUCGUAGGCUCGCUGGGCGGUGAUGAGUAGGAUGAGAUCUAUCAUGUAAUCGACUUAGUUUUGACGGGGAUUGAUCCCUAGUAUCCACUAUGUUCUGAGAUUGAUGUUGCUACUACUUUGCCAUGCUUAAUGCUUGUCACUAGGGCCCGAGUGCCAUGAUUUCAGAUCUGAAAUUAUUAUGUUGUCACCAAUAUAUAUGUGUUCUAGAUCCGAUCUUGCAAGUUGUAGUUAGCUAGUAUUUGUUAUGAUCCGGCAACCCCGGAGUGACAAUAACCGGAACCACUCCCGGUGAUGACCAAAGGUUGAGGAAUACAUGUGUUCACCAAGUGCUAAUGCGUUGGUCCGGUUCUUUAUUAAAAGAAGAACCUUAAUAUCCCGUAGUAUCCAUUUGGACACCGCUGCCACGGGAGGGAUGGACAAUAGAUGUCAUGCAAGUUCUUUUCCCUAAGCACNNNNNNNNNNAUAAUGCAUGCCUACAUCACAUUGACGAACGGGAGCUAGCCACAUAUCUCUCCGUGUUAUAACUGUUGCAUGAUGAAUGUCAUCCAACAAAUCACCGAUCCAUUGCCUACGAGUUUGUCCCACUGCUGUUGUUACUUGUUUUGCUCUGCUGCUGUUACUACUGUUGCUCCUACUAUUACUUGCUGCUAGUGUUACUUGCUUUGUCCUGCUGCUGCUGCCACUACUUUUGCUACUACUGUUACUUGCUACUGUUGUUACUUGCUACUGUUGCUACUUGCCACUGCUUCACUACUGCUGUUCCUUGCCACUGCUGCUACUCGUUACACUGCUACUACCUGCUACAAUAAUUUUUCUAGCACCGUUGCCGGGAAAGAAUAUUUCCCAUCCACGGGCAACUUACUGGCGCCAUUGAAACAACAGUUAGGAAUAGUCUGCCGUCAACAGAUCGUUUCUGGCACCGUUGUUAUCAUACUACUUUGCUACUGAUACUUUGCUUGCACACACUAAUCUUUCAGGUGUGGUUGAAUCUGACACAUUCAGCAUCUUAUACUUGAGAAUAUUCUUUCACUUCCCAUCGUGCGAACCAACAAAUUUGGGUUGACUACUCUACCCUCGAAAACUGCUGCGAUCCCACGCGCUGGUGGGCUAUUGCAAGACAAUUUCUAAUUGUUGAGCAACUGGAAGCAGCUCUUUUCUGGCUCCGUUGCCGUGGAGGCAUCAAGUCAGGAAUAGUUGCACAUCAACAGUCCCUCACACUCAAAUCCCUCCACAACAAUAGAAGCUAUGGAAGGAAAUGAGAGGAAUAAUGAAGGAUCUCACAAAGAACUCCAAGAUCUAGAUCCAAGGGGUUCCCCUCACAAAGAGGAGAAAGUGAUUGGUGGAAAUGUACAUCUAGAUCUCCUCUCUCUUUUCCAUCAAGAACUAGCAAGAAUCAUUCGAAAGAUUGAGAGUUAGCAAGCUUAAAGAAGGACACAAUGGAGGAAGAAAAUGAGCUCAAGAGUGAGGGACCAUUGGGGAAGAAGGACUCCUCAAUUAGACAUCCCAAAAUCCAACAUGCCCACAAGUCGUGCUCAAGCGGUACUACCGCUUGGGGGAAUUGGUACUAUCGCUUAUCACGGUCAAAACAGCCCAACGAGAUAGAAAAACACGAGUGGUAGUUCUGCCAAAGAGGUAGUACCGCUCGGGGGAGAGGUAGUACCUCUUAAGAGGUACUACUGCUCCGUGCCUGGGGUAAAGGUAGUACCACUUGAGAGGUACUACCUUUCUGUACUACCCCUCUACUAUCGUUGAAGAAGAUUGGACACCAGAAUCAGAAAAUAAGCGGAAGUAGAAGUGGUAAUGGUCAGCAGAAGUACCUCUUAAGAGGUACUACCGCUUGAGAGGUACUACCGCUUAAAGCAGUACUUAAGACCAACGAAAACUGAAACCUGCAUAACUGUCGGAUAGAGACUCCAAAAUGAGCAAGCUCAAGCUUGUUGGAUAGAUUACUGAUGGCACUCUCUGGCUAUGGCUAGACGAAUGCUAUUCUCGAUUGCUCAACAAUUAGAAAUUGUCUUGCAAUCACUACAAGGAAUAUGCUAAUACACGACGCUAUUUUUUCGUCGCUACAUCGUCAUGGUUUUUAAUUUACGACGAUCUCACGACGAAAACCAAGCGUCGAAAACGGAGCGUCACAAAUGAACAGCAACGACGUUUUGAUUAAAAUCGUCGUAACUUUUACGACGAUUCCUGGAUUGUCGUAAACUUUACGACGAUCCUAAAUCGUCGUUGGCAAUCAAACUCAGUCCUACGUGGCAGUCCUACGUGGCAAAAUUACGACGAAAUCAAAACAUCAUGGUUGAAAUCAGCCCAACCCAUUUCAAUUGAUCACAUGGGCUGGUUUUAAUUAUUUGGGUUUUUUCUUAUUGGGCUUGUUUUUGGGCCUUAGCCUAUUUGCAGCCACUUCUAGUAUUUUUUCAAUUUUUUUUAUAUCAUCAUAAUUUGGGCCAUGGCCUUUUAGAUCCCAAAUAAAUUUGGUCCAGUUUCAGUUUUGGCCCUUUUUCAUUUUUGAAUUCAGCAACUUUUUGUUCCAUAAUUUGGAUUCAUUUCUAUUUGCUGGGCCUUUUCAACCCAAUUAUUUGUCCAGUAUUAAAUCCAACACUAUUUCAUAUUGAAAUCAAGAAAACUUCAAGUCGAAUUAAAAUCAUCCAUGAUAUAACAUCACAAAAUACAUAUCCCAAGUUUACAUAUCACAAUAAACCAUCUCAUGAAAACAUUUCCUUACACAUGAAUAUAGCAAGAACGAACAAAAUUACACAAUAGAACAAUCGCACAUCUUUUACUGUCCCAACAGUACAGUGGACUUCAUUCCGCUCUCCUAUGAGGCAUGCUCGAGAUGCCACAACUUGUCAAUCUAUAAGAACAUUACACUUCACAUGAAUCAAUCAAAAGGAAACAAAUAUAAAAAAUAUUAGAAAUAAAAAGAUUUAUUUUCAUCCUAAAGAUGAUGUUAAAAAUCCUGAGAUAUAAAUUCUCGAGUAUAAUUAGUCCAACCUAAACAGGUCAGAGAAACUGAAAAUUAAACUUCAAACUAUCUAAGAUUGUUCCAGGAAAUUCUGGACAAAGGAAAUGCAGACAAGCAAACUUAAUAUCUUUAUGGUAUUUUCGCUUUACUAGAGGAAUUUAAGCACCGACACAAGUAGGAGUCAAUGACACAACAAUUAGCAGACAUGUAAGAUAAUACAAAACAAGCUACUCCACGUUACUGUGAUAACCAAGUGCAAACCAGGGUGUAAGAAUAUUAGCCCAAAAAAUCCUUUGGGCAACAUACAUCACUAAAUUACGCUAUCAAUAAGUGCACCAGAGACUCUAAUUUAUUACCUUCAGAAGUUUUAGAUCGAAUCAAAUGAAAACAUGAAAAGGGACUACCAAAGAGCAUUAUUGAUUUAGAUAGAGCUUUGAUGCUGAGUUGAUUUCUCGUGUCAACUGGGGUAAUUCUUUAGCCAGAUUGGAGAAAGGAAACCUGACUAGCACUCAAAAUAUUAACCAGAAGACAAUAGUAAAACAUAAAAGAUGGAUCAGAUUUCCGGCUUUUAAUCCUGAUGGGAUUACAUUUGCGCAUUGUAUACUCAUAGUCGAUAAUUUGGGGACAGUAUCCUCGGGUCCAUAUAACCCAAGGAAAAAAGCAAUUGGUCAUCACAGUAAGUGCAGAAACGUGGUAUGGAUAUGAUAUCAUCACUUCUCACAACAAACAAAAAAUGGUGUAGGAGUUUCUAUUUAUUUAAGACAAGACAACUAUACAGCAUCCAUGACAGAAUGUGUUGCUUACUAGACAUUCAGAAUAAGUAGAGAUACAAAAACAUGACUUCAGAUGCCGAAUAUGCACAGUUUAAUAAUAUACAGUAUCAUGAGACACCUAACAAGUGUUGAUCAUCACUGAUGAAUCAACCACAGAAACCAGCUGCAGAAAGAACAAUAUAGUUGAUAUGUGUAAACGGGGUAUAGUAACAGGAAGCUCCUUCUAUGAGAGCAGCCAGUGUCACAAAAACAUGUUUCCUUCUUGAUGUCUGCCAAUCUAACGAGAAACAAGGCCAUGAAAGCAGACCAAGCAUCAGAUACCUCAUGGCAUCCCAAAUACCACUAUCCAAACAAAAUUUAGUUCAGUGCUAAGAUAUGUAUGGACAAGUUGAAUGCAAAAACCAUCUCAAAGAAUGGUUCGUGCUAGAAUCUUAACCCAAAGUAUCUCUAGGCAACGUACAGCGCUGAAUUACACUACCAAGAAGCGGACCUCAGUACUCAACCUUAAAGCUGAUAAAAAUUUAGCAGAGUAUACCAAAAGAUGAAGGGGAACACUCAGCGUUUCAAAAAAGAAGGCAGCAUCAAAUACUAUAGUAAUUAUUAUUGGACAUGAUAUAGUAAGGUACUUUCACUGGUUAUUGACUGUUUUCAGUUUUCACUAAGCAUAAGUGCAUAAUAUGGAAACAAUAUAAGAGAAACCAUACACCCUCGGAUAUUAAGCUAUUCCAAGUAUGUGAGGUAUACAACUUAUAGGAGCUUACAUGACAUUCGAACCGAUAGUCCCAACGCCCAGAGCAAUGUUCUUCGAGGAAUCUAGGUGUUCUUGUUUAUUCUCUGUAAUAUCUGAUCUCGAUAACCUUUUCUUCUUCCCUCUACUGAUUAAAAAUAGAAGUAAUUAAUCCCAGUCCAAUGUGUUGAGGGAAGAAAAACAUAGCGUGUCAAAAAAGAAGGCAGCAUCAAGUACUAUAGUAAUUACUAUUGGAGAUGAUAUAGUAAGAUACUCUCACUGGUUAUUGACUGUUUUCAGUUUUCACUAGGCAUAAGUGCAUAAUAUAGAAACAAUAUAAGAGAAAACAAAAGUAGUUAGUCCUAAUAAAAUUAUUUCACAUAUUUGUGGCAUGUUCACUCUCAGUUCUUAGGAAGGGAAAAUGCAACCUAGAAUCCUAAAUUCGUUGCAUAUUUUGCCUAUGAUGAAACUAAGAAAAACUAACUUGACAAUACAUGCUAUGGACUGUAGUCUACAGAAUAAAUGACAUACAAGAUUAAAUAAUAUGAUUCUAUUUUGCAGAAGCAGCUGUUUUUUCAUACAUCCCAUGGCAUUUCUGUCGUAAUCACUAGCAACUUCAAAUAGAGUUAAGCAAAAAAUAUCAACAUUCUUUAUUGAUUUCGAUUACAUGCAAAUAAGUAAAAAUGCCCUACUCUACCAAUAAGACAUAAGUAAAGAGCUGACAACACUAGACUGUACAACUACACAAACACAUGAGGUGCUUCUAAGACAAAAAAUAAACCUGAAUUUAGUGUGAGGACUAGCCAAUCCAGAAAGUAAAAAACGCAUUACUGAACAGUCACAGUUUCCAAAACACUAGCCAAUCCAGAAAGUAAAAAACACAUUAGCAAAACUGCAGGACAACAGAAAGGAAGAGUUAAUUUGUGUAGGUGACUGAACAAUACUAUUCAUCUGGACAACAGAAAACUGAUCACCAAAUCCUUUUCAGACAACUAAUUCAUCAAAAGGAACAUGACAUAUCAGGUACUAGUUCACAUAGGACACUGAAUUUGGUAAACUGAAAUAUACCCAACAAAAUACCGAGCACAAACAACAUGUUUUAAUAAUCAUAUUCAGUUAGGGGAAGCAAGUUGGCAGACAUUUCUACAUUAGAAUGUCCACGACUAACAAAACAUUCAUGGUAACACAAAAGGCACAAUCCGGCGAAGUGUUGUAAAUUCCCUUGUAUCCGAGUGGCACAAAUCUGCCUAUUUAUGAAGUAAAUCUAGGCCGGAAUUCCUAGAAUCUCGAACCCCCGAAGUCGCUGAAUAACCAAUUUAUUAGCAGAUCCAAUGGGCUAAACUUGUGAAGUACUAGUAACAUCUAUCUAAACGCUGUCCCAGGUAACAACAGAUCCGGAAAAUCUCUAGUUGGGACGUGUCCCGCUUACUUGAGGUAGUCAUCCUUGAAGAGGUCUUCCCUGUCAUCUUCCUCCUCGUCGCGGAUAACGGUGGCGCUGUCGUCCUCGGGGAGCACAUUAAGGUCGACCUCUGCCUCGCCAUCGUUGUCCGAGUAGGAGGAUGGGUCGGUGGCGCCGUGGCUGGUGGUGGUGUUGGGCGGCAGCCAGUCGGUGUUGAAACCCAGCGAGCCGGGGGUCGACGGCGCGUUCUUCUCCGAGUCGUCCUGGGAAAAUCAAAUCAACCGACGGAAACGUCAGAUCCGGAGGCGGGAAGCAAUUCAACAAGUUAAACCAUCUAUUAAAAAAAUGAAAACCACGCGAAUUUAACAUGUAAAGAUCUAGCUCGAAGAACAAUAAUAUAUAGGUCAUAUGAAUGAUGGUUCAAAUGCAUUCAACACUUCAAAUUACUACUACUACAACUGUCCGCAAAAUUAUAGAAACUUGGCAUAUACCGCAAGCAUUUCUCUUGCACUCAGUCAGGGGAUCGACUUCCAGGUUCCAGCUAGUAGGAGAUUUUCAGUAGAUAAUUUCGAGGCCACUAUCUAAGAAAUUUCAUUAAGUGAUUUCUCUUGUUACUAAACCUACUACACUAUAGCUAGCUCACUAAGAAUUCGUACAAGCAAUCUUGUUACUAAACCUACUACACUAUAUGUCUUGUCAUUCCUGUCCUAGUUUUCAGUGUCAGGAGACUUUUACUAACUUAUGAACAGCAACUGCCACUAUUGACUUCGCCAAAUCAAUAAUUACAAUCACAAGAUCGACCAGGAAACACAGAUUUCAUGCAAAAGACACGGAAUUCAGCAACUAAAAUCCUCCAUGAACAAAGAUAUAGCAGUUGAAACAGUCCAAAUCAUUCAUGCAGUUCCUCACAAGAAAUCAAAUCAUAUGGAGGAUGGAUGGAGAGGCCUCCAUGCAUGCAUGUACGCUUCUUCUUCUUGGUCGCAGCGGGCGGGGAGGAGGUUCCCGCAAUCACGAGCUGUAGAUCGCCCUCGUAUUCACCAAUCUCCGGCGGGCUUCCGGCUAGUUACGGUGGCUUCCCGUGGUAUGGCAGCCAGAACUCCUCUCCCACAACCUCUGUUGUGCUGCUCACGGAAGGGAAGGGGUUUGGUUGGUGGUGGUGUUGGGCGGCAGCCAGUCGGUGCUGAAACCCGGCGAGCCGGGGGUCGACGGCGCAUUGUUCUCCGAGUCGUCCUAGGAAAAGCAAAUCAACCGAUGGAAACGUCAGAUCCGAAGGCGAUUGCUGAGCGUGGCGGCGGCGGCGAGAGGAGGGAGAUGGGGGAGAUGGUCGCUUACCAUCCGCGGGCCCCGAGAAGGCUCUUGUGGAGGGGGCGUGUGGUGGCGAGAUGAGGCUAGGGUUUCAGCAGGAAGGGGGGAAUGGUGGGGAGAGACGGUGUUUCGGUGGGAAGGGGGGAAUGGCUAGGGUUUCCGACGGCGGCGCGGUUCGGUGGCUGGGGCGAGAGGGGAGACGGCGGUGCGGAGUGGGGCAGGGCAACGGGCGACGGAGAUGGGGGAGAAGGGGCGCCGUGGGAGAGAGAGCGAGGGGGCGAUGGGGACACGGGACGAGGGGGCUUUCCCCUCGUCGAUGGGGUGGCGGCGUGGGGUGGAGUGGGAGUGAGGUUGUGGGUCCAUUUAGGGUUAGAUGGAGGUUAGGUGGGCUGGCUUGGGUCGGGCGAUUUGGGCCAAGGGGGUUUUCUUUCCGCCUUUUUAUUAUUUGUUUCUGUUUUUAUUUCAUUUUUUAACAGCUUUAGUUUUAUUUUAUUUUAGUGCAAUGAAAUCUCUUAAAAUUAAUAAUUCUUAAAGGAAAAUUCUCCUAGGUAAUAUCGGACACAUCCGAACAUUUUUAUUUUGACAUUCAAAAACUUUUAUUGCUUUAUUUUAUUUUUAAAUUCAUUUUCAAACUGUUUGAACUAAUGCAAGAUCAACAAUAGAAAUCACGGUGACGUGGCAACAUUAGUGUGGAAUCACUGUAGCUUAAUUACAUAGGUUACUGUAGCAACAAUUGAGGAUAUCACGUCGACCUCCACCGAGCCCUCCAUCGACUGUGGACGGCUCAGAUUGGAUAUAGUGGGGUAAUCCAUGAGAAUAGUUAUCAUUGGUUGGAAACAUCUACAAUUUAAAAUACUAGUUUCUAAGUGGUAAAAAUAUUGAGGGAAACUGGCGGAACUAAAUGAGCUAAAAUUUGGUGGAGUGAGGUUAUAUGGUCAGUUUCAUCCCGUGGUAAAAUUUCAUCAACUAUAAAUCAAUAUAAAAUGUACUUGCUUCACAAAAUUAAAAUAUUAGCACAAACAAAGAUUGAAUGAUGAGCUCACAUGGAUUGCUAGAUGGGGCUAAAAUUUUGUUGAGAACUAUGUUUUCGGCACAUAGAAGAUGUGGAAAAAAUUCAACUCAUCAGGAUAUUCCUAUCUAGUACUUCCUUCACAAAGCUAUUAGCUGAACACAAAUUUUGGAAAAUUUGUGAGAAAGAUUUACUAGGCAAAUCGUUACGAAAGUUUUCAUGAGGCAAUGAUUUGGAUAGGAAAGAGUGCGCAAAAAAUAUAAGGGUAAUCAAAGAAAUAGAAAUAGCACUUCCUUCACAAAAUGCUAUUUUGAACAGAGUAGGAAAAUGAAUAUUGCAGAAUUAUUUUUAAACUAUGGAAGGAAGGAUUUUUCACAUAUUUAAGGAAUAUAUGAUCCAAAGUAUUUAUGAGAAUUUUUUGAGAAUUUUUGGAAUGAUAGAAUAGUAGGUUGCUUCACAAACUAGGAUGAGGUGGGAUAGAAUGGACCCACGAGUGACAUGAUAGAAUAGUAGGAUGAGGUGACAUAGUUAGAACAUGUUACGACAUUUUUAUAAUCGUCGUAAAAGUUAUGACGAUCUCAUCUUAUGCGGUUACGACGUUUUUGACUCACAUCGUCAUAAUUUAUAUGUAGAUUUGAUCCCCUCAAACGGUUUACGAUGAUCUCGGAUGAAAUCGUCAUAGAAUUAUGACGAAUUCAUCAACGACAUCUAAAAAAACGUCAUGUAUGAGUAUAUUUCUUGUGGUGAAUGACCCACCAGCGCGUGGGAUCGAGGCGGUUUUCGAGGGUAGAGUAUUCAACCCAAAUUUGGUGAUUCGCCAAUAGGAAGUGAGAGGAUACUCUCAAGUAUUAGCAGCUGAAUGUGUCAGAUUCAACCACACCUGAAAGAUUAAUAUCUACAAGCAAAGUAACAACAACAAAGUAGUAUGAUAGCAACGGUGUCAGAAACAAUCUGUUGACGGCAGACUAUUCCUAACUGUCGUAUCAAUGGCGCCAGAAGUUGCCCGUUGACGGAAAUUGACUUUUCCCGUCAACGUCGAGCGAAUCAGAAUUGUAGCAGGUAGCAGCAGUGUAAUGAGUAGAAGAAGUGGCAAGGAACAGAAGUAGUGACAGCAGUAGCAAGUAGCAACAGUAGCAAGUAACAAUAGUAGCAAGUAGCAAAAGUAGCAAGUAACAGCAGAGCAAGUAACAGCAGCAGAGCAAAACAAGUAACAGCAGCAGUGGGACAAACUCAUAGGCAAUGGGUCGGUGAUUUGUUUGGAUGAUAUUCANNNNNNNNNNGAGUUAUAACAUGGAGAGAUAUGUGGCUAACUCCUGUUCGUCAAUGUGAUGUAGGCAUGCAUUCCGUGUGUCGUCAUACGUGCUUAGGGAAAAGAACUUGCAUGACAUGUAUUGUCCAUCCCUCCCGUGGCAGCGGGGUCCAAAAGGAAACUACGGGAUAUUAAGGUUCUCCUUUUAAUAAAGAACCGGACCAACGCAUUAGCACUUGGUGAACACAUGAACUCCUCAAACUAUGGUCAUCACUGGGAGUGGUUCCGGUUAUUGUCACUCCAGGGUUGCUGGAUCAUAACACAUAGUAGGUAACUACAACUUGCAAGAUCGGAUCUAAAACACACAUAUAUUGGUGACAAUAUAACAAUUUCAGAUCUGAAAUCAUGGCACUCGGGCCCUAGUGACAAGCAUUAAGCAUGGCAAAGUAGUAGCAACAUCAAUCUCAGAACAUAGUGGAUACUAGGGAUCAAUCCCCAUCAAAACUAACUCGAUUACAUGAUAGAUCUCAUCCUACUCAUCAUCGCCCAGCGAGCCUACGAAUAGAUUACUCACGAACGACGAAGAGCUUCAUGGAAUUGGAGAGGGAAGAAGGUUGAUGAUGACGAUGGCGACGAUUUCCCCUCUCCGGAGCCCAAGACGGACUCCAGAUCUUCCUUCCAAAUGAAGAACAGGUGGUGGCGGCGCCUCCGUAUCGAAAACGCGACGAAAACUUCUCUUUUUUUUUCUGGGACGAAAGGGAUCUUAGAGCUGGAGUUGGGGGCAACAGAGCCGCGUGGGCCCCACAAGCCUGCCCACCGCCACCAGGAGGAGUGGUGGUGGAGCCAGGGCUUGUGGCCCACUGGCCCACCGCCUGAGGUGGAACUUCACGCAGAUAUUUUUGAUAUUUUCCAAAACUGCUCCCCGUAAAUUUUCAGGACGUUUGGAGAACUUUGGUUUCUGCACAAAAAUAACACCAAGGCAAUUCUGCUGAAAACAACGUUAGUCCAGGUUAGUUCCAUUCAAAUCAUGCAAAUUAGAGUCCAAAACAAGGGCAAAAGAGUUUGGAAAAGUAGAUAUGAUGGAGACGUAUCAACUCCCCCAAGCUUAAAACCUUGCUUGUCCUCAAGCACCUCAGUUGACAAACUGAGAGAGAAAGAAAAACUUUGACAAACUCUGUUUGAUCUUGUUGUUGCAACUAUGUCUAACUCAUAACCAGAAUUACAGCAAGAUCACAAGUUAACCACAUAAGCAAAUGACACAAAGGUCUCACGGUAAACUAAUAUCAAUGGCAUAAUGAGCUAACGAGCAAAUAAUAAUGAGUUACAAAUACCAACACUUCAAUCAAAACGAGCAUGAAGCAAUAUGAAUAGGUGGUAUCUCGCUAGCUCUUUCUGAGACCGCAAAACAUAAAUGCAGAGCACUUUCAAAGAUCAAGGGCUGACUAAACAUUGUAACUCAUAGCAACGAAGAUCCAGUCAUAGUCAUACUCAAUAUCAAUCAAAAGCAAAGCAUAAAAAUGACAGAGGUGCUCUCUAAUUGGUGCUUAUAUAAGAUGAGGAUGACUCGACGGGAAAAUAAAUAGACAGACCCUUUGCAGAGGGAAGCAUUGAUUUGCAGAGGUGCCAGAGCUGAAGCUUUGAAAACAGAGAUAAUAAUUUUGGGUGGCAUGCUUUCAUUGUCAGCGCAAUGACCAAGAGUUCUCAAUAUCUUCCAUGCUACUCAUGCUAUAGGCGGUUCCCAAACAGAAAAGUAAAGUUUUAACUCCCCCACCACCAAUCAAUCACACUCCACGGCUAGCUGAAUCCUCGGGUACCGUCCAUACUAACAUCAAUCCGGGGGGAGUCUUGUUUUACAGUUAUGUUUUCGAUUUAAGCGUGGAACUGGGCAUUCCAAUUACCGGCCCAUUUCUCGUGAAUGACUGUGAAUAAACACAUGUCGAGGAUAACACUCCUAGCAUGGAAGAUACCAAUAGACCUCUCUCACCACAUGAGCAGUUUGGGCAUGCAAAACAAAUUAUUUCUUGAAGGUUUAGAGAAUGACACAUGCAAAUUUACUUGGAACGGCAGGUAGAUACCGCAAAUAGGUAGGUAUGGUGGACUCUCAUGGAAAAACUUUUGGGUUUAUGGAUGUGGAUGCACAAGCAGUAUUCCACUUAGUACAAGUGAAGGCUAGCAAAAGACUGGGAAGCGACCAACUAGAGAGCGACAACAGUCAUCAACAUGCAAUGAGUUUGACUAACAUUGAAUGCAAGCAUGAACACGAUAUAAAUCACCAUGAACACGAACGUCAUAGAGGCUAUGUUGAUUUUGUUUCAACUACAUGCAUGAACAUGCGCCAAGUCAAGCCACUUGAAUCNNNNNNNNNNUUUUAUGUAAGUGGAUGCAUAAGCAGUAUUCCGCUUGGUACAAGUGAUGGGUAGCAAAAGGCAACAGUUAUCAAGAUGCAAUGAGUUUGACUAACAUUGAAUGCAAGCAUGAACAGGAUAUAAAUCACCAUGAACACGAACAUCAUAGAGGCUAUGUUGAUUAUGUUUCAACUACAUGCAUGAACAUGCGCCAAGUCAAGCCACUUGAAACAUUCAAAGGAGAAUACCAUCCUAUCAUACUACAUCAUAGUCAUCUCAAAAUCUAUGUUGGCAUUCAAGACAAACCAUUAUAAGCUCUCAGCUAAAUAAGCAUGGCAUCAGAAACUAUGAUCUCUAAGUUGUCAUUGCAAACAUGGUUCUCUCACAACAAAGCUAAAUCAGGCAUGACAAGCUAGUCAUAUUUACAAAAACAAAAUAGAUAGAGUUCAUACCAGCUNNNNNNNNNNCAGUCUCAGUCACUUCAUCAUAUAUCAUCAUUAUUGUCUUUCACUUGCACGAUCGAACGAAGUGAACAAUAAUAAGAGUUCUCGUGCAUUGGACUAAGCUGAAUCUGCAGGCAAACACAAAGGAGAAGACAAAGUAAUAUGGCUCUUUGAAAGCUAAACAGGUAUGCAUGCAAGAACCACUAAACAUUGUAACCAAUAUCUUCUACCUUGACACAAAGAAAAAGAAAACUAUUUACACGAGAAAGCUCCCAGCAAGCAAAAGAAGAAAGAAAAAUACUUUUGGGUUUUCUCAAAAUGACACAAAACAAGAAAACGAAAAUAAACUAGCAUGGAUAAUACAGUGGCAAAGUGUGAACACCGGCUAACAAAGGGAAAGCAUAAGCAUGAACGUAAGGUCGGUGAGAACACGCACUCCCCCAAGCUUAGGCUUUUGGCCUAGCUUGGUCUACUCCCAUGGAUGGUCCUGGCGAAACCCAAAAUCAUAAUGGGUGUUAUACGGGAGUGCUGCAGCCACUGCCUGAAUAGGUGCAUCACGAAGUCGAGCAGCCGUCGCCUCCCUCUCAUACUCCUCUGCCUCUCCUAUUGUUAUGUAGUAUAUUUGUUUUACCUGAAAGUCAAAGAAAGCAGGAGCANNNNNNNNNNNNNNNNNNNNNNNNNNNNNNNNNNNNNNNNNNNNNNNNNNNNNNNNNNNNNNNNNNNNNNNNNNNNNNNNNNNNNNNNNNNNNNNNNNNNGGCACACAUCAAGUAGUUGCCAUCAAGGGUAAAAAGAUGGGGGUUUUAUCAUUGGUUUGAGAUUAUCCCUCUACAUCAUGUCAUCUUGCUUAAGGCGAUACUCUAUUCUUAUGGACUUAAUACACUAGAUGCAUGCUGGAUAGCGGUCAAUGUGUGGAGUAAUAGUAGUAGAUUCAGACAGUAUCGGUCUACUUGUUUUGGACGUGAUGCCUAUAGAAAUAAUCAUUGCAUAGAUAUCGUCACGACUUUGCGCGGUUCUAUCAAUUGCUCGACAGUAAUUUGUUCACCCACCGUCUACUUGCUUUCAUGAGAGAAGCCACUAGUAAACACUACGGCCCCCGGGUCUAUUCACAUCCAUCAUUUACAUCUCCGCUUUUACUUUGCUUUGUUACUUUGUUGCUUUCAGUUAUCACUUGGCAAACAAUCUAUAAGGGAUUGACAACCCCUUCAUACCGUUGGGAGCAAGUUUUUGUGUUUGUGCAGGAUCUUGAGAUACUCCUCCACUGGAUUGAUGCCUUGGUUCUCAAACUGAGGGAAAUACUUACCACCGCUACGCUACAUCACCCUUUCCGCUUCGAGGGAACACCAACGCAAGGCUCAAAGUCUCCCCUUUUACUUUGCUUUGUUACUUUGUUGCUUUCAGUUCUCACCUGGCGAACAAUCUAUAAGGGAUUGACAACCCCUUCAUAGCGUUGGGAGCAAGUUUUUGUGUUUGUGCAGGAUCUUGAGAUAAUCCUCCACCGGAUUGAUACCUUGGUUCUCAAACUAAGGGAAAUACUUACCACCGCUACGCUACAUCACCCUUUCCGCUUCGAGGGAACACAAACGCAAGGCUCCAAGGCCACGGGGGAAAUCCUUUGCAUACUUACCUAGGAAGUCCCUUAAGGCAUAGCCGCAGCAGAAAGAUCAAGCCAAGUAUUCUCCCGUCUACGUGCCUAUUUCUGGCGCCGUUCGAAGGUCUUUUUUUGCAGUAGCAACCAGCUAAAUCAACAUUUCUAGCUCAAGAAUAGGGUCACCAAGGUAGCAAGAAUACGCGAAGGAUAAAACAGUAGAGCAAAAACUAAUUGGAGCAAUGGAGGUGUCACUUACCAAGAAGUAAUUUCCCCAAAACGGUUCGGAUAAUGGUGCUUUGAGCAAGGAGAUCGAAAAUCACAGCCAAAUGAGCAAGAACACGGGUUUGAGCUACGAAACAAUUUUUUCUGGAGGUGAAAGAAGAGGAUGGGAGUUGGAAUGAGUGGAGGGGGUCCCUGUGGGCCGCACAAGCUUGCUAGCCGCCACGAGGGGGGGCGGCAGCUGCAGGGCUUGUGGCCCACUGGUCGGGCCCCCAGGCCAGCUCUCAGGCCCAGUAUUUUUCAAAUAUUCUAGAAAAAAUCAUACUAGAUUUUCAGGACCAUCGGAGAACUUUUAUUUUCGGGGUAUUUUUCUCCAGGACGCUAAAACAGAAAACAGGAAAAUCUAAACUAAAUCUAUCAUUUUUCUUCUAAGCAAUAGAAAAUGAAAGCUCAAAACAGAGUUAUGUGACUCUUUGAUUCAUCCAUUUCAUGGUCAUCGAAAGAAAUCCGUCAAUGGGGUUGAUCAAGUCCUCAUGACAAAACCUUCUCGAAUCGCAAGAGAGAACGGAGAAUUUUCGAAUAACCACUAAGUCACCUCAAUGGGGAUAUGUAUCUCCCCAACAAGCAAAUCAUACUUCAUCUUGACACGAGGAAUAGGGCAUUCAAAGCUCCCAACAAGAAUCGAUGAAGGCUUUUCAAUAGCAUUGAUGCAAUGUACUUGAUAUCGUUUCUUCGGAAAGUGCACUGUGUGCUCAUUACCGUUGACAUGGAAAGUGAAAUUGCCUUUGUUGCAAUCUAUAACAGCCCCUGCAGUGUUUAAAAAGGGUCUUCCGAGGAUGACGGCCAUGGCAUCAUCCUCGGGAAUAUCCAAGAGAACAAAGUCUGUUAAGAUAGUAGUCUUAGCAACCACAACAGGCACAUCCUCGCAAAUGCCGAUAGGGAAAGCAGUUGAUUUGUCGGCCAUUUGCAGAGAAAUUUCNNNNNNNNNNUUCAAGUCUACGAUAAAGAGAGAGCGGCAUAACACUAACACCGACUCCAAGGUCACAUAAGGCAUUUCUUACGUAGUUUCCUUUAAUAGAACAAGGUAUAGUGGGCACUCCGGGAUCACCAAGUUUCUUAGGAGUUCCACCUUUGAAAGUGUAAUUGGCAAGCAUGGUGGAGAUCUCAAGAUCUGGUAUCUUCCGUUUAUUAGUCACGAUAUCUUUCAUUUACUUGGCAUACAGAGACAUUUUGAGCAUAUCAGUUAACCGCAUCUGCAGAAAGAUGGGUCUUAUCAUCUCAACAAAGCGCUCAAAAUCCUCAUCAUCCUUUUUCUUGGAUGUCUUGGAGGAAAGGGCAUAGAUCUCUGAACCCAUGGAUCCCUUUCUUUACCAUGCUUCCUAGCAGUGAAGUCAUUCUUAUCGUAUCUCUUAGGUUGUGGGUUAUCAGGAUUAACCGUAGGUUCAAUCUCCACAUCCUCAUCAUUGCUAGGUUGUGCAUUAUUAUGAACAUCACUGUCCAUAUUGUCACCAGGUUCAUGUUCAUCACCAGAUUGUGUUUCUGCAUCAGACGCAGAAAUAUCAUUAGAUUCUUCAGGUGUGACAGUAUUUGGUGAACUGGCAUGUAGGUUUCUAUCAUCCUUCUUCUUCUCAUUAGGAUGACUGGGUGUAUCAGCAUUAAUUCCUUGAGAAUCUUGAUCAAUUCUCUUAGGAUGACCUUCAGGAUACAAAGGUUCCUGAGUCAUUUUGCCUCAUGUAGUAAUGACUCUGACAGAGUUGUCUUUUAACUCAUUGAGCAAGUCAUUCUGAUCUUUAAGUACUUGUUCUACCUGAGUAGUAAUCAUAGAUGAAUGUUUACUCAGAAGCUUCAGAUCAUUGACAUUUCUGUCUACACAAGCACUUAAAUGGCUAAGCAUACGAGUACUUUGUUCCAAAUGUCUGCUAACAUAAGCAUUGAAACUCUGUUGUUUGGCAACAAAGUUGUCAAAUUCAUCAAAGCAUAGGCUAGCAGGUUUGUCAAAAGGAAUAUCACUCUCAUCAAACCUACAUAGAGAAUUCACUUCUACUACUUGUAUCGGGUUAUCGAGACCAUGGAUCUCUUAGAUAGGUGGUAGAUUUUUGACAUCUUCAGAUCUAAUGCCUUUCUCUUGCNNNNNNNNNNAUCAAAAGGAAUAUCACUCUCAUCAAACCUACGCAGGAAUAUCACUCUCAUCAAAGGCUCACUACCUAUAGGUUAUCGAGACCAUGGAUCUCUUCAAUAGGUGGUAGAUUUUUGACAUCUUCAGAUCUAAUGCCUUUCUCUUGCAUAGAUUUCUUGGCUUCUUGCAUAUCUUCGGGACUGAGGAAUAGAAUACCUCUUUUCUUAGGAGUUGGCUUAGGAGGUGGUUCGGGAAUAGUCCAAGCAUUAUCGUUGAUCAAGAUGUUAUUCAGUAGGAUCUCAGCUUGUUCGAUAGUUUGUUCCCUAAAAACACAACCGGCACAACUAUCUAGGUGGUCUCUAGAGGCAUCGGUAAGUCCGUUAUAGAAGAUAUCAAGUAUCUCGUUCUUCUUAAGAGGGUGAUCAGGCAAAACAUUUUGUAGUUGGACGAUCCUCCCCCAAGCUUGUGGGAGACUCUCUUCUUGGAGUUGAGCAAAGUUGUAUAUUUCCUGCAAGGCAGCUUGCUUCUUAUGGGCAGGGAAAUUUUUCUCACAGAAGUAAUAGACCAUAUCCUAGGGACUACUCACACAUCCAGGAGCAAGAGAGGUGAACCAGGCUUUAGUGUCAUCCUUUAAAGAGAAAGGAAACAACUUAAGGAUGUAGUAAUGGCGGAUCUUCUCCUCACUAGUGAAAAGGGUGGCUAUAUCGUGUAGUUUGGUAAGAUGGCCUACGACCGUCUCAGACUCAUAACCGUGGAAAGGAUCAGAUUCGACUAGAGAGAUUAUCUCAGGAUCGACAGAGAAUUCAUAAUCCUUAUCGGUGAUAAAGAUAGGUGAAGUGGCAAACUUCGGGUCGUAUUUCAUCCUAGCUUUCAUUCAUCCUAGCUUUCAGAGAUUUUUCCUUCCACUUGAGAAGUAAUUUCUCAGCGUCAUAGGCAUCCUUACACGCAAGAAAAUCCUCAUCUAUCUCUCCCUCCAUAACAUAACCCUCAGGUAUAUCAGGCAAUUCAUAUCUAGGAGAGCUAGAUCUAGCAGGAGAAAAAGCAGGUUCUAUCUCAAUAGUAUCGGCAUUUUCAGAAGCAUCACGAGCAAUGGCAGUAGCUCUAGCAAUAUGAGCAUCAAGGAACACCCCUAGUGGAACAUCAGGCAAAGUAGCGUCUCUAGCAGUAUCAAGCAUAGCAUCAUGAGGCAUAGCAUCUCUAGCAGUAUCAGGCAUAGCAUCGCUAGCAGUAUGAGGCAUAGCAUCUCUAGCAGUAUCAGGCAUAACAUCUCUAGUAGUAUCACGCAUAGCAGCAUCAUAAGCAUCAUCAAGCACAGGCGACAUAUCAAGAUUUCUAGCAGGAGGUGAUGUCGCAAACUUACUCAUAACUGAAGGUGAAUCAAGUGCAAAGCUAGAUGGCACUUCCUUACCUCCCCUCGUAGUUGAGGGCAAGACUUUGGUUUUCGGAAACUUCAGAUUCUUCAUAGUGAUCAGCAGAUAUAAAUCCCAAGUAACUUAGAGAAUAUAGCAAUCGCAUCCCCGGCAACGGCGCCAGAAAAAUGCUGAUGGCACUCUCUGGCAAUGGCUAGACGAAUGCUAUUCUCGAUUGCUCAACAAUUAGAAAUUGUCUUGCAAUGACCCACCAGCGCGUGGGAUCGAGGUAGUUUUCGAGGGUAGAGUAUUCAACCCAAAUUUGUUGAUUCGCCAAUAGGAAGUUGGAGGAUACUCUCAAGUAUUAGCAGCUGAAUAUGUCAGAUUCAACCACACCUGAAAGAUUAAUAUCUGCAAGCAAAGUAUCAACAACAAAGUAGUAUGAUAGCAAUGAUGUCAGAAACGAUCUGUUGAUGGCACACUAUUCCUAACUAUCGUAUCAAUGGCGCCAGAAGUUGCCCGUUGACGGAAAUUGUCUUUUUCUGUCAACGUCGAGCGAAUCAGAAUUGUAGCAGGUAUCAGCUGUGUAACGAGUAGCAGCAGUGGCAAGGAACAGUAGUAGUGACAGAAAUAGCAAGUAACAGCAGUAGCAAGUAACAGCAGUAGCAAGUAGCAACAGUAUUCAUCAUGCAACAGUUAUAACACGGAGAUAUAUGUGGCUAGCUCCCGUUCGUCAAUGUGAUGUAGGCAUGCAUUCUGUGUGUAGUCAUACGUGCUUAGGGAAAAGAACUUGCACGACAUCUAUUGUCCAUCCCUCCCGUGGUAGCGGGGUCCAAAAGGAAACUACAGGAUAUUAAGGUUCUCCUUUUAAUAAAGAACCGGACCAAAGCAUUAGCACUUGGUGAACACAUGAACUCCUCAAACUAUGGUCAUCACCGGGAGUGGUUCCGGUUAUUGUCACUCCGGGGUUGCCGGGUCAUAACACAUAGUAGGUAACUACAACUUGCAAGAUUGGAUCUAAAACACACAUAUAUUGGUGACAACAUAAUAAUUUCAGAUCUGAAAUCAUGGCACUCAGGCCCUAGUGACAAGCAUUAAGCAUGACAAAGUAGUAGCAACAUCAAUCUCAGAACAUAUUGGAUACUAGGGAUCAAUCCUCGGCAAAACUAACUCGAUUACAUGAUAGAUCUCAUCCUACUCAUCACCGCCNNNNNNNNNNCGAACAAUGAAGAGCUUCAUGGAAUUGGAGAGGGAAGAAGGUUGAUGAUGACGAUGGUGACGAUUUCCCCUCUCCGGAGCCCAAAACGGACUCCAGAUCUGCCCUCCAGAUGAAGAACAGGAUGUGGNNNNNNNNNNNNNNNNNNNNNNNNNNNNNNNNNNNNNNNNNNNNNNNNNNNNNNNNNNNNNNNNNNNNNNNNNNNNNNNNNCUGGGACGAAUGUGAAUUUAUAGAGCUGAGUUUGGGGGCGGCAGAGCCACGUGGGCCCCACAAGCUUGCUACCCGCCACCAGGGGGGUGGCAGCUAUAGGGCUUGUGGCCCACUGGCCCAUCCCCUCUGGUGGAUCUUUGCGCGGGUAUUUUUCAUAUUUUCUAGAAAUAUUCUUCGUAAAUUUUCAGGACGUUCUGAGAACUUUCAUUUCUGCACAAAAACAACACAAAGGCAAUUCUGCUGAAAACAGCGCGAGUCCAGGUUAGUUCCAUUCAAAUCAUGCAAAUUAGAUUCCAAAACAAGGGCAAAAGAGUUUGGAAAAGUAGAUACGAUGGAGACGUAUCAAUGACGACAAGUACUAUCAAGCAAUGGAGAAUAAAUGCUAAUGAUAUAGAGAUGUGAAACCUCUAUGAAUGAAGAACCGAAAAAACUCCAUCCUCAAAAACGACAUAGAAUAUGCAUAUGAACUCCGUUUUCGAUGAACUUGAACUUGUCAUGAAUAUGACCAUAAGCUCAAGAACGCGCAUAGGGAAAAACCAUCCAAGAACCAAGAAAGAUUAUCUUUCCAAUAAUGCAUUGGUUUGAGCUCUCAACAGACGAUAUGAUCAAGCUACUCACUUGAGAGCCCCCCUUGGUAGUACGACAAUCUAUCCUAUAACCCGGUCUCCCAACUAACGCGCUGAGACCGGUAAAAUAGAAAACCUAUUAAGGACAAAUAUUUGCCUUGCGCAUAGUCCACUUGAGCUAAAUGAUGAUGAUGUUGUACUCCUCAAGAUUGACCACCUUCCUUCAUUGUGUUGGCUUGAUGAAGACUAGUUGAUUGCGCCCCAUACUUCACUAUAGGAAAGCAACUCUUCGGCACAUCUUCACCAUAGUGGACGACAAGAUUCAAGCAUGAUCUCGUCUGAUGCUCCACUUGAACUUGCACGCUGCAAUCUUCCAUGGGUUGAAUGAGACUUCCUGUUGACGCGGUCCCAUGGAAACACACCUACCCCACAUAGAACUUUCACAAAGACCAUGGGUUAGUACACAAAGCGUAAUGGACAAUGCUUACCGUACCAUGGGCUCACUUGAUCCCUCUCGGUACAUCUUGUACGCUUUGUGUGUUGAUCAACUUGAUUUACUCUUUGACUUAGUCUUGACCAACGUUGUGUAUUUAUGACCAAUCUUUGGAUAAAACCUUGAAUACCAUAUUGGUCAUCAUAUAAACUCUUUGAAACCAUUAGAUGGACUUCAAGAAGUGCCUAUGAACAAAUCCUUCGAAUAUAACUCAAGGCAAGCAUAUGCUCUAACAAUUCCCUACCAGGCACAUCAUUCAAAAGGAUGGAAGGUGUUCCAUAGGAUAGUAUCUUAUUGAUCCAAGUGAUGGAUCCAAUUUUUACGCACUUUUUAUAGCUCAUUUGUCGCCUAUUAUCUCCAUAUAGCAUGUUCUAUUGAGCAAAUGACAUGUACAUAUGCAUAAUUUCAAUUAUUUAUCAUGUCCAACACAAGGAUUGCAUAAUCGUUAUUCUUUGUUAGUGCUUAUAUGUGUCUUAUUUGUUUUUGUGUGUUUUGUAAGCAAUGUGGAACUCCCAUCCACUUAACACAAUGAAAAGGAUCCAAACGGAGGACAUCUAGGCACCAGACUUAGGCAGUCGGUUUUCAGAUGCUAAAAAUCAAUAUCUGCAUUGUAGGUUCAUGAGCGUUCUUCUCGUGAUUCCAACGAGUAGAGGAACGUUGAAAACAGAGUAUGGAUGUCAAAUUUACAAUUUUACCGAAGAGUCCAAACCAUUUAGUGACCUUUGGGAGGGAAAAAAUACUCGUCCCAGGCCCACACAAGCUCAAAAGUUGCAGGAUUUCAUUAUCGUUUGUUCCUACUACUUUCUUGUCCAUCAAGGGAUGUUUUGGGAAAGGAUUUGGUUCACCGAGAGCACUUAUAUCAAAGUAGAUGCUACAUCAAUGAAAGAGGGUUUGGGAGAGCUCUUAUAAAUAUAUCUCCAACCCUAACCACUCGGGGACACCAUCCAUAUCCACCUAUCCAUGCUCAGCUGUCAUCCCCAUCAAGAGGAACUUGGGGGUUGUGCCAAGCCUACAUCUCCAUUGUUGCAACCUUGGAGGAAGACUAGGAGGGAGUCAUGCUGGAAAAGCGUCAUGGGGGCUGCGGUCAUGGGCCAUAGCUGUCACAUCGUCCUCACCUAGCUACACCCCUUCUCAUUCCCCCAUCACGGUCUCCGUGAUGAAUUGUAACAACUCUUGAACCCCUUUAUAUGUGAUGUUAUUUGAGUAAUUCUUGGCUAUGGGUUGAUCAGCUAGUAAGCAUUUAUUUGAUAUGCGUCGUCUAUUUAUGCCUAUCAUCUUCAUGUUAUUAUUUACCCUUGCGGUAAUUUAGUGAUUGCAGCUGUACCGUCCAUUAGUGUAGUUGGAGACGUUCAACUCCCUAGGUCACACAUGAAGUUGAUAGAUACUUGUCCAUAUCGAGAGACCUCCGGGGUGACAGGCAUCGAUAUCUUGAGGGGAAUAAAAUUAUCCGAAGGAUCACGGUUGUUCAUAGAACUUAUUGCAUUCGGUUCAUGCCUUAUGAUAUUAAUGUCUUUCUUUUGCCCACUCACAGUAUGGGACAGGAAAUAGGAAGAGAGAGUUGUCUGAGUAUGACGAUGUUUGAGAGACAAUGUUAUGUGAGGGACCGCCCACCAUUGAUCAAUUGCGAUAUCGUAUAAUGCAAGGUAUAGACUUAAUUGUAGGUUUUAAUAGUUGAGAUAUAGAGCUUUUUGUCCUACCCACUAAUGUUUAAAACAAGGUAUGGUGUAGCUCAGCUCCAUUGUCACAAAGAGUGGUAAAAAAGUUGAGAUAUAGAGCUUUUCUUUUCGUUCCUACGCACAUAGUUGAAAAAAUCACAUCAAGGCCAAUGGACCAAAGAACAGCCAUUCCCUUCGCCAAAGCGAGGCGCAGAUGCGCUGUUGUCUUCUCUCCCACACAGGAGCUAGCCUCAUCAUGUCCAUGACAACUAGGAAGUCUUACUUGCACGUGCCCCUAAGUACCUGUGUUCUGGAACCACGGUUAUCCCCGAAUCGGUUUGAAGAACCUGACACGAAAUCUCGAUGUGCGUACGCACCCGAGAGGCUCCAUCUAAUCCUUCCUCGUGGACGAACUUCAAGAGGAUCGGAUCCCGAAAGACUAACUCGAAGAAGAAGCAUAACCAUCCAUCCCAGCACCAUCCGUAUGAGAGCUAAAACCCUACCUAUGUACUAGACGGAGCUGAGGCACCAGGAGUCCCCUUCCCGCCGAGGGGAGUCAUAUACAUAGGUUGGUCGACGGAUGUCAAGGGGAUGAAAGCUUUACCUAGUCGCCUUGCGAGAGGGGAAAGAACUUGUUCUACGUGUGGUCGGUUACUAUGCUAGUUGAGUUAAUUAUACCAAGAAAACACAUAUUUCAUUUUGAGAAACAUGCAUGUACACCACCCCUUUCAAUGCGCACACACACACUCUAUGCCUAUGAACAUUUACGAGAGAGUGAGCCAACAGACCUUAUGAUAAAAUAAAAAUACUUUACCCGCACCACUCAAAUGGCGUACUCAGACAAUUUGUAAUCAAAAAAUCUUGGGCUUAAAAUGAAACCAAAAACAAGGAAAGGUGGAAAAAGGUUGUGUGGCAACCACCCUAUAACAUCAAGAACUGAAACUUCCAUCAGACACAAUGCAUCUGAGGGCCACGCAACCUUUGAAAUGGAUAUGGCAGUGGCUGCAACAAGGCCAUUCCCAGGUACAACAAAUAAAGUCUGAGUUCAUCAAAACAAUGCCUUCAACAAGGCCAUUGCCACGUACAAAUAAUAUAGGCCAGACCAUUAGCUUUCACCAUGGAAAUCAAAACUCAUUACUCGAGGAGCAGCAUCAAAUUGCAGUCCUUCAGUGUUGCCGCCCCCGCUUGCCGAGACCGCUGUUGCAAGUCACCAAACACCUGGCACAUAGUCUUCAUCGUAUCCAAUACACCCUUCCAAUAAAGCUUAAGACCUCCAAUCACAGCGUCCAAGACUUCCUCCACCUCUAUUCAUGCCUUAGAAAUCAUAAAUUCGACAUGUCCAUGACACCCGUAAGAAAUCGAACAUUCGCGCCAUGCCCUCUCGAGCUGGGUUGGAUGAUAAUAUUAGCGCGCGCAACCGGAGCCUUUCCAGUCUAGAUAUCCAGGUUCGACAUACGUCAAUCUGUAUAGAUCUCUGAGGGGGAAGACCAGAAUGCGUCAGCAACCCGAUCCAAGAGGUCGACAUUAGGUAGAAAGACAACUUGGCGGAACAAAAGCGCUAUGGCCAAAGCACCAUUUUUAGGCCGAACCACACUCACCCACCUCCAAAGAAAACGAGCCACUCCGCACUAUGCCAAAUGCUCCAGCCACCAUACCGAGCACCACUCCGAGAAACACACCCCUGAACAACCUCCAUUUUACGGACUCAUGGCGCCAGGUCCCGAAUCCGGCUGCUCCCCGGGAGGAACGAGUCACUAGACGGCGUAGCAGCAAGCACCGGCUAUGCAUGCACUCCGGCCUGGUCGGUCCAGAGUGAUCACGAUGUUCAUCCACAUGAUUGCUAUAUCAUUGAGAGGUCAUGGUUGAUCGCAUCAUUUUGCAGGGUGCUUCAUCAUCAUGAAAUGAAUGAAUAUACGCUUCCUUUUUUGUGGGUUAGAUUCCACGAUGAUACAAAAUCUGGACUCACGAUACAUAAUUUAUGGGUUCAGUGGGGACGACAUGAACAGAGCAAAUGGACAACAGUGGGUUCUAAAAUUUUAGCUCAUGGAUGAAAACAAAGUUUUACCUUGCUUGGACACCCAAUUAAGUAGCAUUUCUACUCGCAAAAAAAAUAGCAUUUCCAAUUAAAAAAAAUCCUCCAUGACAUGUAAAUGAUUAGGCGUAGAAAAUAGUACUCCCUCCGUCACGGUUUAGAAGGCACAGUUAGACUUGCGUGCGUUUUCAAAAUAGACAAAGAUUAAGGCACAUUGCAUUUACUCCUAGCAGUUAAUUAGUAUUCCGUUGUACUAUUUCUAUAUGCAUGUGUAGUGUGAAUGCUAUUUUUUAACUCAUUGUAUAGCCAAUCAAUAACCACCUAGGUCCUAGAGAAUUUGCAUGCACGCCUUCUAAACCGUGACGGAGGGAGUACAACACUUUUGUAGUCCAAUGAAUAAUUGUGAAUAAAACAUAUAAAAGGUCAUGAUGACACACAUCACACAUGCAGCAAAUAUAUGUUAAUUACCUGCAUGAAAUGUUAUAAAAUGAAGCACCAAAGUUUACAAGCAAGCAUAAUUGGUUGACAAGUUUGUAUUAUAUAAAAGUGGAUAAAGGAUGUACGAUUAACAUUCGUCGUGCCUGUGCCACUGAACCUAAAUCGCCCAUCAACAAAGGAACUUCUUCGUGCACCUUUGAAGCGUUACCCGUCGGANNNNNNNNNNNNNNNNNNNNNNNNNNNNNNNNNNNNNNNNNNNNNNNNNNNNNNNNNNNNNNNNNNNNNNNNNNNNNNNNNNNNNNNNNNNNNNNNNNNNAUGAUCUAAACGUAUAUUUGUUCGUGCACAAUGCCCAAUUACUUCUUUUCAGAUAAAAAUACCAAGUUACUUUCGUAUGUUGCGUCAUGCUUCCCAUAAUUAUUGAUACUUCGAAACAACCUAUGCACAAGGCAAUAUAUUUUCCCGUGUAGUAGUCCAACCCAAUUUCAUUCCAACAUGAGAAAACUUGUGGAUACACCAUCUCUGCCCCUCACACGGCCUGAUGGCUGAUUGUGUCCUCAUCUAUGUCCUCCUCUUCCUCCUCCUCUCCCCUCACUCCCACCUGCCGUAGCAUCACUGUGACAUCUGUAUGCCUCCAAUUUGUCGCAUUUCUGGAGCACGAGAAAACUACAAGAGGCUAACAAGGCUACAUACGACAUAACUAUGGUAGGCUGUUGGCACUGCUGUUCACCUUCUUAAUAUCCUUGGAUGUUGGACUCUACGCCGGCCUCUCCCAUCUUGAGUGUUGGUGGCUGCAUGAUCUGAGCAUCGGCUUGGAUGGCGUCCAAUAAAGACACCAUGCAUUACUGGCAGUGUAGACUCUGACACACACAAGUAUAUGAUCUAAGCUUUUCGUUGGCCCAAAACGCACACAUACUGCAGCCAAGAUUAAUCGACAUCAAUGCCCAAUUACUUCCUUUCAUACAACAAAACAUAUCAACGCCAACAUGUGUGGGAUGAGAAGGCGCUGGGCUGCAUGCCAGUGUGGGCCUAUGCCAGGGGGACAAGACGACACUCUCAGCCUCGGAGAUGCUCCCGAUGCACUGCAAGCACCAUUGCAAAUUCGGAAUACGGUCUUUCUAUUCCCAUCUUCAUUUCCUUGUGUAUAAAUUGCUAACUGCAUGUACAUGACAGAUAGCAACAACAAAUUCUAAAACAAUCCCUCUCAUAUAGGCUAUACCACAUGGGAAAGAUCAUGAAUGUUGCGGUUCAAUUAUAAUCUAUUUGCAAUACCUAGAUUUUGUUUUUAGAUGUUUUGAGAGUAGUGUUCGUAAUUACAGAUGAAAACGUAAUCCUAUUGUUGUUGUGGCCUCUUGAUUUCUCCAUCAUAACAAGAAGAGGAAGUGUACACAUGUUGAAGUCACGUUUAGGCAUCAAUGUGAGUGGUAUGUAAGCAAACAUUGUCUAAUGGCCGACUAUAUGUUUCUUGAAUAAAAAUAAUUAUACAAUAUGAUUACAUAACGCUGCAAGCAGAUCCUAGAAAAAUAUAAAUGAAAUUGCACAAUAAAUUUUUUUGUGACCAUGAUUAUAUGAAUAUUAGUUUAGUCAUAGUAUAUCAUCAACAUAUUUAUUUUUAUGUUAUAUUUUGUAAUGCUGAUAUGUUCACAAAAAUAGUAAUAUUAGUAGUAGAAACUAAUAUUUUUGUACCAUUAUUAGUAGUAUAAUUUAUCACAAAAAUGUGAACCAAUGAUUGUAAAGCUUUUCCCACAACAUAAGCUAUUACUUGAAUGUGAUAAGGUGAGAUAGUAUUAUGACCAAAUGUUACGAGUGCAAGUUAAUUAUUAUAUCACAGAAAUAACUGAAUCAUUUCAUUUCAUUGUCUAACAAAUAAGUAUGCCCUCAAUUUGAAUUUAUUCGCAUAUGAGUAUUAUCUCGAGUUAGACUUCUACGAUACCGAAACAAUACCAUUAGACUCAUUAUUGAAUAUAUUUACACAUCUUAUAAGUUUUGAAAAAUGAACUUAUUAGGAAGUAUAAAAACCAGUCGGCCCACACAACCCACCAGAUGAAUUUAAAUUGACCUGCGAUAAAAUUAAUUACCACUCACCCUAUUAGGGUAGCCCGUGCGAAUGCACGGGUUCACGACUAGUUUAUCUAAUGUAGGUUAGAGCAACACCAACCAGGCCCCCCAAACGGACGCUCGUUUUGUCCGUGUUUUGUCCAUUUUGGUCGGCUUGUUCGUCCUGUUUUCGUUUUGGGUCCGUCGUGCGUCCAAUGCGCCCAUGCUUCUUUCGCGCUAUGCUUCUUUCGUUAGUGUGGUAGGCUUGCAGCCAUUUUUUGAUCUCUUUGUUACAUAUGUUUAAAAUUUAAUCCUAGAUUAACGAAGUUGAGUAAAAAUACAACCAUUUCAUAGUUCACAAACCACAUAAAUAUCUGAUAGUUUACAAGCCAAAUUUACAUUAAAUUGUCUCCAACACAUUUGAAAGAAAAGGUUGCCAACACAUCUAUUGGUUGCCAAUAUGAAUGCACAUAUGCUCGCAGCUGCAUGUGAGUUUCAAUCACGUAUCUGAUGAUGAAAUUGGACGAACUAUGCAAACGUGAUCACUCCUCCAUGCACAGGCACAACAUUGUCACCCUGUUGAAUCCUAGGUUUUCAUUGGAAUUGCCUACCAGGCACACCAUUCAAAAGGAUGGAAGGUGUUGCAUUGGAUAAGAUCUUGAUCCAAGUGAUGGCUCCAAUUUGUACACAAUUUUAGAGCUCAUUUGUCGCCUAAUAGCUCCAUAUAGCAUGUUCUAUUCAGCCAAUUACAUGUCCAUAUGCAUGAUAUCCAUUAUUUGUCCUUUCUGUCACAAGGAUUGCGUAAUCAUAAUUCUUUUUUAGUGCUUACUGUGUUUCUUUGUUUUUGAGUGUUUUGUAGGUAACGUGGAACUCCCAUACACUUAACCCAAUGAAAAGGAUCCAAAGGUAAGGACAUACAGGUACCAGAUUUAGGCAGUCGGUUUUUUAGUUGCUCAAAAUCGAUAUCUGAUAUUGUACGUGCAUCAGCAUUGUUUUCAUGAUUCCAACGAGCAGAAGAACAUUGAAAACAGAGUCUGGAUGUAAAAGUUACAAUUUUACCAAAGAGUCCAAAGCGUUUAACGACCUUUGGCAUGACCCAAAAUGCUCGUAUCAGGCCGUGACAAGCUCGAAAGUGGCCCUUUCCAAAGGAAUUCUUCGAGGCUUUCUUGUUCAGUGCCACAAGAAAGUGGUACUAUCAUUAUUAACUUUGUAUUUGUUGGCGUCAAUGUUAUGGACAUCAAUAUCACUACUAUCUAGAUUCAAAAAGAAUAAACCAUUCACAGUAGGCUCAUGACCAUAAAAGAUGUUACCCAUAUAAAUGGAACAACCAUUAUUCUCUAGUUUAAGUGAAUAACUGUCUCGCAAUAAACAAAAUCUAGAUAUAAUGUUCAUGCUCAAGCGGGCACCAAAUAACAAUUAUUUAGGUUUACAACUAAUCCUGAUGGUAAUCGAAGAGCGAUUGUGUCGACCGCGAUCACAUCAACCUUUGAACCAUUUCUGACGUGCAUCGUCACUUCGUCCUUUGCCAACCUUCGUUUAUUCCGUAGUUCCUGUUCAAGUUACAAAUAUGAGUAACCAAACCGUUAUCAAAUGGCAUUACUACGAGAGCUAGUAUGGUACACAUAAAUAACAUGUACAUCAAGUAUAUCUUUAUUGAUGUUGCCAGGCUUCUUAUUGGCCAGAUACUUGGGUCAAUUCCGCUUAUAGUGACCAGUUCCAUUGCAAUAGAAGCACUCAGUCUCAAGCUUGGACACAACUUUGGGUUUCUUGAGGGGGGGAACUGGCUUGUCGUUAUUCCUGAAGUUUCCCUUCCUGCCCUUGCCUUUCUUCAAACUAGUGGUUUUAUUCACCAUCAACACUUGAUGCUCCUUCUUGAGUUCUACUUCCGCGAUUUUCAGCAUCGCGAGAUUAGCUUCUUCAUCCCUUGCAUAUUAUAGUUCAUCGUGAAGUCUUUGUAGCUAGGUGGCAGUGACUAGAGAACUAUGUCAGGACCGUCUCAGGUGGAAUCUCAACUCCCAACUGAUUCAGGCGGUUGUACCACACACACAUUCUGAGUAUGUGCUCACUGACAGAACUAUUAUCUUUCAUCUUGCAGGUGAAGAAAUUAUUAGAGGUCUCAUACCUCUUGAUCCGGCCAUUUGCUCGAAAUACUAACUUCAACUCCUGGAACAUUUGAUAUGCUCCAUGGCGUUCAAAACGGUUUUGAUGUCCCAAUUCUAAGCUGUACAACAUGGUACACUGAACUAUCGAGUAGUCAUCAGCACGCGCCUGUGAGACGUUCAAAAAAUCUGCAUACGACACUAGAGGGGUGGCGUCUCAAGCGCUGCAUCAAGGACAUAAGCCUUUUGCGAAGCCGUGAGGAUAAUCCUCAGAUUAAAGACCCAGUCUGCAUAGUUAUUUCCAUCAUCUUUCAGCUUAUCUUUCUCUAGGUACACAUUCAAAUUCAGGGGAGCUACUGUGUGAGCCAUUGAUCUACAACGUAAUUUGCAAAGACAUCUAUAGACUAUGUGUCAUGACAAUGAAUUCAAUUAAUCAUAUUACUAAAGAACUCCCACUCAAAUCAACAUCCCUCAGUUGUCUAAGUGUGACAUGAUCCAAAUACACCAACCCAAGUCCGAUCAUCAUGUGAGAUGAGGUGAUUUCAAUGGUGAACAUAUCCAUUUGAUGAUAUGUACUACAUGACUCAUGUUCGACCUUUAGGUCUCCUCUAUUCCGAGGCCAUGUUUGUACAUGCUAGGCUCAUAAAGUUUAACCCAAGUGUUUUCCAUGUGCAAAACUGGCUUACAACACUUGUAUGUGAACGAAGAGUGUAUCACACCUGAUCAUCACGAGGUGCUUCGAAACAACAAACUUUCACAACGGUGAGGGAUCAACUUAUAAUGCUAUCAUUGUCCUAAGGAUAAUAAGAUGCAUAAAAUAUAAACAUCACAUGCAAAUCAUAUAAGUGACAUGAUAUGGCCAUCAUCAUCUUGUGAUUCUGAUCUCCAUAUCCAAAGCACCGGCAUGAUCUCCAUCGUCACCGGCAUGACACCAUGAUCUCCAUCAUCGUGUCGUCAUGUGGUUGUCGUGCUAACUAUUGCUAACUCAUAGUGAUAAAGUAGAGCAAAUGACACAAAUAAAUAAAAGACAACCCUAUGGCUCCUACCGGUUGUCGUACUCAUGGAGAUGGAAGUUGUGAUAACUAUACAAAACAUGAUCAUCUCAUACAUCACAUAUAUCAAAUCAUGUUUUUGGCCAUAUCACAUCACAACAUGCCCUCGACAAACAAGUUACACGUCCUCUACUUUGUUAUUGCAAGUUUUACACGGCUGCUAUGGGAAACUAGCAAAAAUCAUUCUUACAUACGCAAAGCCACAACGGUGAUAUUCAAGUUGCUAUCUAACCUUCUACAAGGACUGCCUGUGUCGAAUCCGAUUCAACUAAUUAAAUUGAGAGAGACAAACACCCGCGAACCACCUUUAUGCAAGCAAGUUACGUGUUAGUUGGUCAAACUAGUCUCUUAUGCGUGGACAGGUACGGUUGGUCCGAACCGCUCCAUCCCAGAAUAUCGCUGAAUCAAAAUAAUACUAAGGAGCUAAGCAAGAUGAACAUCAACACCCACAAACACUUUGUGUUCUACUUGUGCAUGCCAUCUAUACAGAAACCUAGCUCAUGAUGCCAGUGUUGGAGAAUGUUGCAUGGGAAACAAUAGUUUUCCUAUGUACACCCAAGAUCUAUCUAUGGAGAUGUAUAGCUACGAGACGGGGAGUGGAUCUACACACCCUUGCAGAUCACUAAGAGGAAACAUUAAGAAACGCGGUUGAUGUAGUUGUAUGUCUUCACGAUCCAAUCAUGAUUCGUCCUGAUCUAGCGCCGGUCAGACGGCACUUCCGUGUUCAGCACACGUACAGCUCGAUGACGUCUUAGCCCCCCAGAGAGCGAUGGUGGAGUAGUAGAUGAGUUCUCCAGUAGAACGGCGGCGUGGUGACGCACUAGUGGAGAAAGGGGUAUUAGAACCGGUUGGUAAGGGCCUUUGGACCCAGAUACACAUCCGGUGCUACGUAUCCGGGACUAAAGCCCCCCCCCCUUUAGCACCGGUCUCUUACAAACCGGUGCUAAAGGCCUCCACGUGGGCGCCGAAGAGUGCGCGCAGGCGGAGGACCUUUAGAACCGGUUGGUAACACCAACCGGUCCUAAUGCUUUUUUUUCUUUUUUUUCCUUUUCUUUUCACGGUUUCCGAUUCCGUAUUUUGGUGUUUCCGUGUUCCGUAUUUUCAGGGUUUUCGUUUUCGUGUUUCCAGUUCCGUAUUUCCGUUUACGUCUUUCCGAUUCCGUGUUUCCGAUUCCGUGUGUCCGUGUUUCGUUUUUUACGAACACGGAAUCGGAAACACGUAAUCGGAAACACCGAUUCCGUGUUUGCGGUUAAGUGUUUCCGAUUCCGUGUUUGCGGUUAAAUGUUGAUGCACCAAAUAAAAGUACAUAUAUACAUGUAACACGAAGUACUGGACCGAUUAUCAUUACAUAAUUUGAAGUUCGUUUCCUAUGGCUGUAUACUUGCAUAGAGAAGGGAACUGGCUAUUGGUUCGUAGGAUGGAAAAUUUCUCCGCCUUCAUCUAUGACUUGCGUGAGGAGAAAUCCUGCCAAUUCCUCUACAACUGCCUUGCAACGUUGGAUUGGUCUGAGCAUCGCCCGCUUUCGUUGCAGCUUUAAAAGAAGUAGAUGAAAACAAUUAAGUUAUGAACAAAACUAAACAUAAUUGAUGGCAACAUAAAUAAAGUUGUGAAGAUCCGGUUACGUACCUCUAGAUUUCUGGAAGUACGGGAUUUCUCAUUGAUAAUCCUGUGAAUGUACUCGCAAACGUAGUAUCCACAAUAAUCAGUNNNNNNNNNNNNNNNNNNNNNNNNNNNNNNNNNNNNNNNNNNNNNNNNNNNNNNNNNNNNNNNNNNNNNNNNNNNNNNNNNNNNNNNNNNNNNNNNNNNNUUCUUCUCCUCCUCCUCCUCCUCCUCCUCCUCCUUCUUCUUGAUUUCUUCUUCUUCUCCUCUUCCUCCUCUUUCUUCUUCUUCUCCUCCUCUUUCUUCUCCUUCUUCUACCAUAAUAAGCUCAAAAUGAAAAGAAAGAAGAAGAAGAGAUGAAGAAGAAGAGAGGAAGGAGAAGGAGGAGGAGGAGGAGAAGGCCAAGGACCUUCUAUCCUUCUCCUCCUCCUCCUCCUCUUUCUUCUCCUCUUUCAUAUUAUCCUUGCUUUAAUUAACCCAACAAUGACAUAGUUAGCCCAUUGAGCUCCAAAAUACCGUAAUAAGCUCAAAAUGGCAUAAGAACCUUGGUUAGCUCAUGAAUAUUAUAUACUUAGCUUCUUUUCCUCUAAAAGGACAUAAUUGGAAUAUUUAGCUCAAAAAAAAGGAGAAGGAAGAAGAAGAGGAAGAAGAGAAGAAGAAUAGAAGGAGAAGGAGAAGAAGAAGGAGGAGGAGGAGAAGAAGAAGAAGGAGGGGGAGAAGAAGAGAAGAAGGAGAAGGUAGGAGGAGAAGAAGAAGGAGAAGGAGAAGGAGCCCUCCUUCUUCUCCUUCUUCUUCUCUCCUUCUUCUCCUCCCUCUUCUCCUUCUUCUUCUCUUAUUUUUUCUUCUUCUCCUCCUCCUUCUCCUUCUCCUUCCCCUUCCCCUCCUCCUCCUCCUCCUCCUCCUUCUUGUUUUUCUUCUCCUUGUUCUAUUAUUGCUUCUUCUCUUUCUUCUUCAAUUUAGCUUAUUUGUCAUAUAUGUUGUUGUUCUUCUUGUACUUACUUUCUUAUUCCCAUUUUGCAGAUUGGAUGUACUACAUGCAUGGAAGCUGGCGUUGGAGUGCUUUAGUUUCCUUUUUUAUUUGAGUUGAUGAACAAUGUGUUGGUUCUUUGUAUGUGUUGAUGAACAAUGUGUUGAUGAACAAUAUAUGUGGAACUAUAUGUAUAUAUAUAUGGAUGAAACUUUGUAUAUGUUGGUUUCUUUUGAUAUAUGGAUGUCCAUUGAUGAACAAAUGACAUUGGUUAACUUUAUAUGUAUAUCAUAUAUGUGUUGUGAACUAUAUAUCAUAUAUGUGCUAUGAAUUAUAUAUAUUAUUGCUGUGAAAUAACAUAAAAUAAAAAAAACAGUGACAAUAUGGGCUCUUUGCCGUCUGCNNNNNNNNNNNNNNNNNNNNNNNNNNNNNNNNNNNNNNNNNNNNNNNNNNNNNNNNNNNNNNNNNNNNNNNNNNNNNNNNNNNNNNNNNNNNNNNNNNNNGGCGUGCGUGGGAGAGAGAGAGAGCGCGUGGGAGAGAGAGAGUGCGUGGGAGAGAGAGAGAGAGUGCGUGGGAGAGAGGAGAGAGGUAGGCGCCGUUAACGCUUCCGAGUCGUGGGGCUACGCACUUCCGUGCCAGUUCCUGCGGCGUUCUUCUUCUCCAGCCAUCGACCCCGGUGUCGAUCUUCCCCCCGUCACGCGCCGCAACAAGCGAUCCGGUCGUUCGCAGCUCCAGUGUUGGGUGCGACACGCCCUAGCGCGACAAAACAUGUCCUCUUAAGUGGCAGUGCUUGAAUCGGUUGUGGUCCCGCGGUCAUCCCAGUGCUUGGAGUCAGUUCUGACUGAACUACCUUCCGAGUAUCAGGGUCACGGGCCUGCAGCCGAAGUACUCAUGGCGGAUUCCCAUGAAAGUCCCUCCGGACUGGUCGGAACAAGGGUGAGAUCGGGGAAUCAUCCGGCGCUCGUCGUCAGCACCCUCGUUCUUCCGGUCGAUGCGCUCGCCAGAGCAACGUCGAGGUGCUCCGCACACCCAUCCUCAACUUAGCUGCAGCCGCCAGGAUCGCUGACUCUCUCCAGCCGACUGAUUCGGAGGCUGGUAGAGGAAUCGAGUAGAUCCGUGCCUUGUUACAUACGGCGCAGCAGCAAAACUCGGUGGUCUCCCAAUCGCACAACAAGAUACACAACAGUUCCGUUCAAGCGAACACGGGUGAGUUUUCAGUCCCGGCUCUCACCAGCAUCGCAGAGGGGGCAGCCUCUAGAACGAUCGUUCCAGGGACCAGAGUCGGAAUCCGCUUUCCAUUCGGUCUCAUCCCGAAGAUCGUCGCCGUUCGCGUACUCCUCCACGGAGUGGGCCUUACCGACCCCGGCAUUACGAUGGUCAUCGUUCGGGCGGUGACGCGCAUGAUCAAAGGCCUGAUGCAAGAGGGUAUAUCACUCAGAAGAAGGUUGAUAGAAGCUGAGCCACCGCGAUGGUCAUGAUAGAGAUCAUCCGAGUGGAAGCAGGACCGUUGUUUCUGGUCCCGAGUGUUUCAGUCGGGCAAUUCGCUCGGCUGACAUCCCUCCCAACUUCCGAUUGGCGACGGGAAUCAGCAAAUUCACAGGAGAGUCCAAACCAGAAACUUGGUUAGACGACUACAGAGUGGCGCUCUAGAUCGGUGGUGGAGAUGACCAUGUCGCCAUGAAACAUCUCCCGCUGAUGCUCGACGGUUCGGCUCGAGCUUGGCUAAACCAGUUAGCUCCAUCAAGCAUUUACAGUUGGGCAUAUCUGUCCCGAGUCUUCAUCAGGACCUUCGAGGGUACGUGCAAACGCCCUGCUGGUCUCACAGAGCUUCAGCACUGUGUCCAGAAGCAAAACGAUCCCUUGCGCGAUUUCAUCCAGCGCUGGACAACCCUGUACCACACGGUGGAGAAUGUUACUGAACACCAAGCAGUCUGCGCCUUCAAGGCAGGCGUUCGGUACAGAGAUCUAUACCUGAAGUUUGGUCGGACAUGCGACAUCUCCAUGAGCAAGAUGAUGGAGAUAGCCGCGCGCUAUGCGAGUGGCGAAGAGGAGGACCGCAUACAUAGCGGCAAGCAUAAGUCAGUCGCGGACGGAGAUGGGAGCAGCAGUCGGAAGUAGAAACAGAAAGCCCAAUCCACUCCGCAAGCAGAGGUGGCAGUCGUUACAAACGCUAAGUCCAAAGGCAAGGGGAAACCACAGUACACCCCCAAGAAGAAACAGUCAGGAAAUUCCAUCCUAGAUCAACCGAGGCCGAUCCACACGAAGACGGAUGAAGAAGGCAAUGUCAUAUUGCCGAAACAUACCACUCGGCAGUGUCGCCUCCUGAUCCAAGGAUUCGGUGAAGGACAGCCGAGUGAGAAAGACUCUGAGCAAGAUGAUGAGGACAAGGGGGAUCCGUUCCCUCAAGUCCAUGCAACGUUAAUGAUUUUUGCUGAUGUAGAAAGCAAAAGUCGACUGAAGCUGGUCAACAGGGAGGUAAACAUGGCAACCACAUCCACUCCCACGUUCCUCAAGUGGUCACAGACUGCAAUCACUUUUGAUCAGUCAGACCACCCAGCACACGUAUCCACCCCAGGGAGGCAAGCUCUGGUCGUCGACCCGGUGGUGGAAGGAGUUAGGCUGCGCAAAGUCCUCAUGGACGGCGGCAGCGGCUUGAAUAUCAUGUACGCCAAUACUCUCAAGGGAAUGGGCAUUCUGAUGUCCAGACUUAGCGAGAGCAGUAUGCAAUUCCAUGGAGUCGUCCCAGGAAGAAAGGCCAAGUCACUCGACCAGAUUGCGUUGGAUGUCGUUUUCGGCUCUUACCAGAACUUCCGCAAAGAGAAAUUAACAUUCGAGGUGGUAGACUUCCAGAGUGCAUACCAUGCCAUUCUGGGCCGUCCGACAUACGUACGUUUCAUGGCCCGUCCAUGUUACGUAUAUUUGAAGCUGAAGAUGCCUGGUCCCAAAGGCGUGAUUACUAUCACAGGCAAUCGGCAGCGGGCCGAGGAGUGCCUGCAGCAGGGGUCGAGAAUGGCAGACCAUCAGAUAGCUGUACUCGAGUUGGAUGAGUACAAGAAGAUUGCCGACCCCGCCGACCUGAUGCGUUCAAAGAAGCCAGCUUCCGAGUCCGCAUUCCAGUCGGCGAGAGACACGAAGAAAGUAAGCAUCCACCCGGCGGAUGCCACCGCCGCCCCAACAAACAUCUCCACCACCCUUGAUCCAAAAUAGGAAGACGAGCUCAUCCAAUUCCUCCGUGAGAACUGGGAAAUUUUUGCAUGGAAACCUGCUGACAUGCCAGGUGUACCGAGGGAGUUGGCUGAGCACCAAUUGCAUGUGGAUCCUACCGCUCGGCCCGUCUGAGAACACCUGCGUCGGUCCGCCGCGCACAAGAGAAAAGCAAUCGGAGAGGAGGUAGCUAAACUUCUGGCAGCCAACUUCAUUCGCGAGGUACACCACUCCGAGUGCCUCGCUAAUGUUGUCAUGGUACCCAAGAAGGACAAGUCUCUCCCUAUGUGCAUCGCUUUCAAGCACCUUAAUAAGGUCUGUCCGAAAGACCAAUUGAUCAAAUUGUUGAUUCGACUUCGGGUUCCAAGCGUUUAUCCUUCCUUGAUGCCUAUUCGGGCUAUCAUCAGAUCCGUCUGUAUGGUCCAGAUGAAUUAAAAACAUCUUUCAUCACCCCAUUCGGGUGCUUCUGUUACAUCACUAUGCCAUUCGGUUUGAAAAAUGCAGGAGCAACUUUUAUGCGAAUGAUCCAAAAAUGCCUCCUAGACCAGAUUAGUCGAAAUGUGGAGGCAUAUAUGGACGAUAUCGUAGUCAAGUCACGCAAAGGUUCCGACCUGCUGACUGACUUGGCAGAAACAUUCGCCAACCUACAUAGGUACGAUAUCAAGCUCAACCUAGGCAAGUGUUCAUUCGGCGUUCCCAGCGGGAAGUCACUCGGUUUCUUUGUUUCUGAACUUGGGAUCGAUGUCAACCCCGAAAAGAUCGGGACCAUUGUUUGAAUGGAGCGGUCGGUAAGAGUACAUGAUGUACAAAAGCUCACAGGUUGCCUAGCGGCUUUGAGCAGGUUUAUCGCUCGACUCGGCGAGAAGGCGUUACCUCUGUACCGACUCAUGAAGAAGUCGGAUACCUUCGAGUGGACAGACGAAGCCCAAACCGCAUUCGACGACCUCAAAGCCCUGCUUUCCACCCAGCCGGUUCUUACAACCCGCUCAGUAAAGAACCCCUUCUUCUAUACAUCGCGGCUACAAAUCAAUUCGUCAGCACCGUUCUGACAGUCGAACGCGAAGAAGAAGGCAAAGCGUACAGGGUUCAGCGGCCAGUAUAUUAUGUUUCCGAAGUCCUGACUCCUUCCAAGCAGAGGUAUCCCCAUUAUCAGAAGCUUAUUUAUGGGAUCUACAUGACUGCAAAGAAGGUGGCUCAUUAUUUCCAAGACCACUCGGCAUCCGUCAUAUCUGAUGCUCCGUUGUCGGAAAUUCUCCACAAUCGGGAUGCAUCAGGCCGAGUGGCAAAGUGGGCAAUGGAGAUGCUAUACUGCGACAUCAAGUUCGAAGCCAAGAAAGCUAUAAAGUCUCAAGCUCUUGCUGACUUCAUAGCAGAAUGGGUAGAACAACAGCAACCGACUCACAUCUACUCGACUCAUUGGACCAUGUUCUCCAAUGGGUCCAAGAUGUUGAAUGGCUCCGGCGCCGGCGUAGUGCUCAUGUCCCCGAAAGGUGAUAAACUCAAUUAUGUGUUGCAGAUCCAUUUUGAUUCUUCCAACAACGAAGUAGAGUACGAAGCUCUCCUUUACGGGUUGCAUGGCCAUCACACUCGGCGUCCGUCGCCUGAUGGUCUAUGGCGACUCAGAUCUAGUGGUUAAUCAAGUAAUGAAGGAGUGGGAUGUAAGGAACCCCACCAUGACUGCAUAUUGCAAUGCAAUAAGAAAGCUCGAAAAGAAGUUCGAAGGUCUGGAACUUCACCAUGUUCCCCGACUGAAAAACCAAGCAGCAGAUGAAUUGGCAAAACUUGGAUCCACACGGAGACCUGUCCCGAGUGAUGUCAGCCUCGAGCACCUACACCUCGCCUCGGUAAAAGAAGAUUAUUUUACACAGGAACCGGUGCAACCGAAGAGCUCAACAGAUUAGACUGAAGCCGAGGUUCCAGCUGUGGUUGACCUGAUCAUGGAGAUUCUGGAUAUCAUUCCCGAAUGGACUGUGCCAUUCAUUGUGUACAUCCUGAGGCAAGAGUUACCGGAAGACGAGGUCCAAGCGAGGCAGAUCGUUCACAGGUCGAAGUCCUUAACCAUCGUUGAUGACCAGUUAUACAGAGAAAGUGUUUCAGGCGUCCUUCAGCGGUGUAUCUCUCCUGAGGAGGGUCGGUUAAUUUUGGAAGAAAUUCACUCGGGAACCUGCGGCCAUCAUGCCUCCUGAAGGGUAAUCGUCGCCAAAGCAUUCAAAGCUGGUUUCUUCUGGUUGCAGGCGAAUGAAAUGGCAAAAGAUAUAGUCGACCAUUGCGAAGGUUGUCAGUUCUAUUCAAACAAGUCCCACAAGCCAAUGUCCGCGCUGAAGACAAUUCUCCUUUCUUGGCCAUUCGCCGUGUGGGGAUUAGAUACAGUCGGACCAUUCAGAACAGGCCAAGGAGGAUUCACCCAUCUGCUGGUAGCAGUCGACAAGUUUACCAAGUGGAUUGAAGCCAAGCCAGUCAAGAAGCUUGAUGCCCUUACGGCCAUCAAAUUUAUCACAGACAUCAUCGCCAAAUAGAGGGUUCCACACAACAUAAUCACCGACAAUGGCAUAAACUUUAACUCGGACGAGUUCAAAGGUUUUUGCGCAGGCCAAGGUAUGCGAGUGGAUUUUGCAUCCAUUGCGCACCCCCAAACAAAUGGACCAGCGGAGCGGGCGAAUGGACUCAUUCUUCAAGGGUUGAAGCCUCAACUCCUGCGGGAAGUUGGACAUGCCGCCGGCGCAUGGGUCACCGAGCUGCCUUUGGUGCUGUGGGGCCUCCGAACAACUCCGAAUAGAUCGAUAGGACGAUCCCCGUUUUUCCUCGUUUAUGGAGCAGAGGCAGUCCUUCCGAGUGACUUGCAUAACAACUCUCCACGAGUCGAACUCUUCUCCGAAGCCGAAGCAGAGCAAGCCAGGCAAGACGGACUAGACCUUUUAGAAGAGGAGCACGAGAUGGCAUUGAUCCGUUCAACAAUUUAUCAGCAAGAUCUGCGGCGAUUUCAUGCAUGGCACGCCAGGAGCCGCACGUUCCAAGCAGGCCACCUGGUGCUCCGAGUGGAUCAACAGAGACCACACAAGUUGGCUCCCGCCUGGGAAGGAUUGUUCAUCAUUUCUAAGGUGCUGAACAACAGAGCGUAUCGACUCUACAACCUCGACAGGGAGACGGACGAGCCGCGAGCAUGGAAUGGAGAUCUACUGAAGCGCUUCUACACAUAACCACCGACAGAGACAAUGUAAAGAACAAAUGUCAUCGAAGUAAUACAAAGCGGUUUAAUUUCUUGCCGAUUCAAAAUUCUUGCGCGUUUGCAGACUCCGGUCNNNNNNNNNNNNNNNNNNNNNNNNNNNNNNNNNNNNNNNNNNNNNNNNNNNNNNNNNNNNNNNNNNNNNNNNNNNNNNNNNNNNNNNNNNNNNNNNNNNNAACAUAAAAUAAAAAAAACAGUGACAAUAUGGGCUCUUUGCCGUCUGCCUGCUGGGGGGGCAGACGGCAAAGAAGAGGGCACAGAGGAGGGGCAGGAGUGGAGAGAGGGGGAGGGGAGGACACGGCAGACGGCAAAGAUUGACCAGCAGGCAGACGGCAAAGAGCCUCCGUUAACCCCUAACGGAGGCAACGCCUCUCGGCUGCCGUCUCAAGCUCUUUGCCGACUGCUCCUCAAGGAAGCUGACGGCAAAGAGCUUUGCCGUCCGCUUUGGGGGGGGGGGNNNNNNNNNNNNNNNNNNNNNNNNNNNNNNNNNNNNNNNNNNNNNNNNNNNNNNNNNNNNNNNNNNNNNNNNNNNNNNNNNNNNNNNNNNNNNNNNNNNNNNNNNNNNNNNNNNNNNNNNUAGGCUGACGCAGAAAAUUUGCCAGCCGUGACAAUCUUUGCCGUCUGUGGUAUGUUCUUUGCCGUCCGGGUAUUUGUCUUUGCCGUCCGUGAUGGCAGAUGCCAAAGAAGGUGAUUCCUGUAGUGGAUGUACAGAGUGGAUUCCAGUCGGUACGUUAGAUAUGCUCCGAGUGGAUCGUCGCCGACUGGAUGAUGGGGGCGUCCUUAGUUCAGUUGGAACUGUCUAAGGGCCUUCUCCCCUAUGAAGGGUAGUCCUUGGGUAGGACCUAUAGGGCAGACCUAUGACNNNNNNNNNNCUCGCUAUGCUCCAUCAUCCUCACACAACUAAUGUAAAUCAUGCACAACCCCGGUAUUGGCCAAGUAAUUGUUUUCGCACUCUUACUUUCUCAAACUUUUUAUAACAGUCACGCAACACAUGAGCGUGAGCCAUGGAUAUAGCACUAUAGGUGGAAUAGAGUGUGGUGGUGGUUGUGAGACAAAAAGGGAGGAGAUAGUCACAUUGACUCGGCGUAUCAAAGGGUUAUGGCGAUGCCCAUUAAUAGAUAUCAAUGUGAAUGAGUAGGGAUUGCCAUACAAGAGAUGCACUAGAGCUAUAAGUAUGUGAAAGCUCAAAAGGAGAACUAGUGGGUGUGCAUCCAACUUGCUUGCUCACGAAGACAUAGGGCAAUUUUGAGGAAGCCCAUCAUUGGAAUAUACAAACCAAGUUAUAUAAUGAAAAUUCCCACUAGCAUAUGGUAGUGACAAAGCAAGAAGCUCUCAAUCAUGAAGAAUAUGGUGCUAUUAUGAAGCACAAGUGUGGAAAAGGAUAGUAGCAUUAUCCCUUCUCUCUUUUUCUCUCUUUUCUCUUUUUUUCAUUUGGGCUCUUAGGCCUUUUUUUCUUUUCUCCUUUUUUUGUUUUUGGGCUCUUUGGACUCUUUUUUUAUUUCCUCACACGGGACAAUUCUCUAAUAAUGAUGAUCAUCACACUUUAAUUUACUCAUAGCUCAAUGAUGACGACCCUAUAGGAAAUGCGUCCGGCAGUGUACCGGGAUGUGCAACGAUCUAGAUGGCGUAUGCCGUUGAAACAUCUCGCUAGCUAUCUUACGAUCAUGCAAUGGAAAUAUGAGAGUGACGGCAGAAGUCAUGAGACGGAACGGUGGGAGUUGCAUGGCAAUAUAUCUCGGAAUGGCUAUGAAAAUGCCAUAGUGGGUAGGUAUGGUGGCUGUUUUGAGGAAGGCAUAUGGUGGGUUUGUGCACCGGCGAGAAUUGCGCGGCACUAAAGAGACUAGUAAUGGUGGAAGGUGAAAGUUCAUCUAUACCAUGGACUCACAUUAGUCAUGAAUAACUCACAUACUUGUUGCGAAAGUUUUUAUAAGUAACCGAAACAAAGUGCUAAACGCAUACUCUGAGGGGAAGGGUUGGUAGGUGUUAACCAUCGCGCGAUCCCGACCUCAACACAAAGGAUGACAAUCAAUAGAUCAAUUAUGCUCCGAUUUCCUAACAUAGCGGUCACCAUACGUGCAUGCUACAGGAAUCACUAACUUCAACACAAGUAUUUCUAGAUUCACAACACCCUACUAACAUAGCUCUUAAUAUUACCAAAUCCACGUCUCAAAACUAAUUGGAGGAAUCAAAACUUCUCUUUCUACUCAAUGCACAUGAAAAUGGAGGUUUUUGCAUCCUCUUUGGGUACUUAUCACAUUUGGGACUACUUUCAUAGCAUAAGUCAACUACCAAAUCACGCACCGCCGUGCUCUAAAAGAUAUAAGUGAAGCACUAGAGCAAAAGUAUCUAGCUCAAAAGAUAUAAGUGAAGCACUAUGAGCAUUCUNNNNNNNNNNAAAAAUCACGAUGAGUGCAUGUCUCUCUCUCUAUCAAAAAGGUGUGGAGCAAGGAUGAUUGUGACACAACAAAACGAAAAGACUCCUAAGAUACAAGACGAUCCAAGCAAAACACAUAUCACGUGGUGAAUAAAAAUAUAGCUCCAAGUAAUGUUACCGAUGGAUUGAAGACGAAAGAUGGGAUGCCUUCCCGGGGCAUCCCCAAGCUUAGGCUUUUUGGUGUCCUUGAAUUUGGCUUGGGAUGCCUUGGGCAUCCCCAAGCUUGAGCUAUUUCCACUCCUUAUCUCUUUGUCCAUGAGAACAUCACCCAAAACUUGAAAACUUCACAAAACAAAACUUAAACAGAAGCUCGUGAUAACAUUAGCACAAGAAAACAAAUUACCACUUCUUUUGGUACUGUAGCAAACUUGAAUUCUAUCUAUAUUGGUGUUGGGCUACUCCAUUCUCACUUUUCCAUGGCUAGUACCCCCCGAUACUAACCAUAGUUUCAUCAAAACAGGCAACCAACUCAACAAAAACAGAAUCUGUCAAAAACAGACCAGUCUGUAGUAAUCUGUAUACUUCCUAUACUUGUGGUAACUCAAAAAAUUUCUGAAAAAUUGUGAAUGCCUGGGAAAAAGGUAUAUCAACCAGCGGAAAAAAGAAUCAAGUCAAAAUCUCUUUCUGAAUAAAAAUGAAAAAUCAUCUCGUGAGCGAAAAGUUUCUGUCUUUUUCCAGCAGGAUCAAACAACCAUCACCAAGACUAGUCAUAAAGGUUUUGCUUGGCUCAAACACAAAAAGAAACACAAAAGACACAAUCAUAACAGAAUUCUGAUAGUGUGGACGCAACAAAUUAGAAAGAAAAAGAAAUAAAUUUAUUGGGUUGCCUCCCAACAAGCGCUAUUGUUUAACGCCCUUAGCUAGGCAUAACGAAUUCAAUGAUGCUCACGCAAAAGACGAGAGUUGAAGCACAACGAGAGCAUCAUCAAGCAUGUGAAAAUCACAUCGAAGUCUAACAUACUUCCUAUGCAUAGGCAUUUUAUAGGAAAAAAAAUUGGUCAAGCAACCAAUAGUUACCAAAUGCAAGGAAGAAGAAAGAGACAAUAGCAAUCUCAACAUAACGAGAGGUAAUUUGGUAACAUGAAAGUUUCUGCCACAAUAUUUUCCUUUCUCAUAGCAAUUACAUGUGGGAUCGUAUUCAAAUUCAACAAUAUAGCUAUCCCAUAUGAUAUUCUUUUCAUGAUCCACAUGCAUGCAAAGUUAACGCUCUUCAAAAAUAGUGGGAUUAUCAUCAACUAAAGCCAUGACUUCUCCAAACCCACUUUUAAUCUUAUUGCAAAAUCAUAUUCAUCAUGAGGCUUAAACAAAUUUUUAAGAUCAUAAGAAAAAUCAUCGCCCCACUCUUGUUCAUUGCAACAAGUAGUGGACAUAACAAAACUAGCAUCCCCAAGCUUAUGGUUUUGCAUGUUCUUAGCAUCCCCAAAUUUACAGUGAAACCAUUGCAAUCAUGCUUUUCAUCCAAGGAGCCCUCAUGAAUCACUUCAUAAAUUUCUUCCUCACAAUUUUCAGAUUCACGCAUCUCAAGCAAAACUCCAUAAAGAUAGUCAAGUGCACUCAACUCACUAGCAAUUGGAUCAACAUAAUUGGAUCUCUUAAAGACAUUAGCAAGUGGAUGAGGAUCCAUAUCACUAGAUUUUCAGCAAGCGAAGAUGCAAGCAUAUUUAAGGCACAUGGCACAUAAGCGAACAGAAAGCAAGCGAGAGAAAAGGGCGACCGAAAAAGGCAAACGAAAAAAAGGCAAACGAAAAAGGCAAAUAGGUGAAGUGGGGAGAGGAAAACGAGAGGCAACUGGCAAACAAAGUAAAUGCAAGAGGUGAGUUUGCGACACCUACUUGGAUGAGUUCUUGACUUGAUCUUCCUCCCCAGCGACGGCGCCAGAAAUCCUUCUGCUACGGUCCUAGACAACAGCGCCAGAAGUUGACACGUUGAUGGAGAUUGGGCUUGCGUUGGUUUGUCUUCUGAUCAUCUCUCCGUGUCGGCCCUUCCUCCGAUGCUUGCCCCCACGCACCGUAGCUCCGCCGCCAGCCCUGCCUCCGCCUCCUCCUUCGUUACUCGCGCCCGCCCACCGCAGCUUCGCCGUCGGCCCCGCCUCCGCCUCCGCCUCCGCUGGUCGCCCCCGCCCACUUCAGCACCGCCGCCGCCCCUACGACGCUCAUUUUAGGAAUUUUGUAUAGGAAUUUUAGAUAUUUUAGAAUGUAGAUUAACUCAUUUUGAUCGGUAUGUAGUUUAUAGUGUAAUCUCUAGAAGGUCUUAUAUUUAGGAAAGGAGGGAGUAAUGUUGGUGUGACUUACUAGGCUACUUCUUAUUAGGCCCCUCCCGUAUUUGUGCUAAUGUUUAUAUGAAAAUACUAGGUUACUUCUUAUUAGGCAUUAAGUUCUGGACGUCGACGACUGACUACUAUAUAUGAUUCAGUUUUUCCAUUAAAUACUAAAAUGUUAAUCUUAGAAUCUAUAAGCAUCAAGAAAAAAAAUUGCCGUCGAUUUUUAAUCUUAGAAUGAUGAACAUAGGAAAUGACGUGGUCCGACGACGAUAGGAUCCCUAAGUGCCAGUUGUGCCGGGAUGACACGAGUAUAUGCGACCGUUAUCCUCACCUAGACAACGGUACGUCCUUCACCAUCAAGCUACAUGAUGACUUUGAGAUUAUUAUGGUAUGUAAAGACGACAUGUAAUUUUUGUUAAUAAAGUAUGACGUAUGAUUUUUUUUGCUUUAAUUAACUUUUAAUUUUCUUUUGUACAAUUCGACUACACUAGUAGAAAAUAGGGCUUUGGUCGAGGCGAUCAAAGAGCUUUAAUCCCGGUUCUGUUACGAACAGGGACCAAUGUGUUCAUCAGUCCCGGUUCGUGAGGCUAAGGCACCGGCCGGGCCAGGGUCCCAGUUCGUCUGACCACUUUGGUCCCAGUUCCAGACAAGAACCGGGACCAAUGGUCCUCGCUCUUGGAGAAGAACCUUUAGUCCCGGUUGGUGGAUGGAACUGGGACUAAAGGUCAGUUUUCUGUCCCGGUUUUGACCACCAACCGGGACCAAAGAGAUUCCUAUAUAUACACGCACCUACCCAUCCUCUCCUCUGUUUUUUGCCGUGUGGGAGGUGUGCAUGCAGUGCUCGGUUCAUCGUUCCACGCAUGCACAUGAGGUGUUCGAUGAAAUGCCCGAGCCACACUUAAGCUUUCUCCUCUUGAAGCUCGACCUCCAAGCUCCAUUUUCCUCAAGAUUUGUUUUGGUUUGGCGGUGCACCAACUACACAUGUGUUCUAAAAGGUUAGCUACUUCAUCCUUUCAUCUCCCACUCCUAGUUUAGCUCAUUUCAAAUGCUCUAGAAGUAGAGAGGUUUCUGGGUUUUAGUGUAGCAGUGUAUGUGGGAGUUCUUUUUAUGUAGAUGCACAAUUUUGCUCCAAUUAACUUCUUAGAGUUUGCACAUGUGUAGCGUGUCGUCCCAUCCCCGUCCUCACCGUCGUUGAUCGUCCACGCCGAUCUCGUCACGGCACCACCAUGGUGAGCCUCUUGUUCUUAUUUUCUUUCUAAAAGAAAAAAAUAAUUCUUACUUGUAUGAUUUAGAUAGAUACUUGUAUAAAUUUCUUACUUUUAUUAUUAUUUGUUGAAGGUGAGCUCUACUCAUUGGCCAGGGGAGCAUCUUCGACUGUAUUGACUUACAAAGGGUACGAGAUAAAUGAGAAUACAUUUUAUACGAUUGCCCAAGAUCAAAAGAGCACCAACCAAAAUAGUGUUGUCCGCUUUGAUGCAGCAACCAAGGGGGGAAAUGACACGUAUUAUGGUUACAUAGUGGACAUAUGGGAACUUAGACUAUGGACAUGAUAUUGAGGUCCCUUUAUUUCGAUGCAAAUGGGUCAAUCUAUUAGGAGGUGGGGUACAGGUAGACCCACAGUAUGGAAUGACAAAAGUGGAUCUGAACAAUCUUGGGUACACAAACAAACCAUUCGUCCUAGCCAAUGAUGUGACGUAUGUUUUCUAUGUGUAGGACAUGUCUACCAAACUGAGAAAAAGAAAAGAUAAAGAAGCGAAUACAUCAUACGAUGAGCCAAAGCGCCACAUAGUUCUUUCAGAGAAAAGAGACAUCGUGGGAGUGGAGGGCAAGAUAGACCCUUUCAGUGUGUUAUGUGGGUGAAAUGAUGAUACAUUUUUGUCGUAACCCUUUCAAUUUUUUAGCACAUGCUAUGUGGGUGAAAUGAUAAUACCAUGACAACUCUCAACCUUUUCAGUGUGUUCAUUUGUAGUGCUUUUCAGUUUCAGGGUCAUUUAGCUAAAAACAAUCAGUAAAUGCAUGAAAAAUACCAAAUGAAGUGAGAAACGGUUGAAAAUUGAUGGUGUGGCUUUUGAAUGGUUCAUGUUGAAUGCACAAAAAGUCUGGAGUUCAAAUAAGUUCAAAAAAAUGAAAUACCUUUGUAACAGAUGAGUUUUCGUCUGAAACCGUGAUACUUCGAAAGAGAUUGUCGAUUUUGCACACGAAGUGCAUCCAGUUUCUGUCGUAACCCUCUCAACUUUUUAGCAUAUGCUAUGUGGGUGAAAUGAUGAUACCAUGCCAACUUUCAACCUUUUCAAGUUUAUUUGUAGUGUUUUUCAAUAUCAAGGUCAUUUAGCUCAAAGAAUAACUAACAGAAAAAAGAAUGAACUAACAAGAAUCAAAAUAAUAUUAACUAAAAUCAUCAAAGUAUUGAUUUGUUAAAAAUAAUGAACUAAAAAGAAUUAAAAGAUAUUAACUAAAAUUAUCAAAGUAUUUAGUUGUUAAAAAGAAUGAACUGCAAAGAAUCAACUAAAAGAAUGAACUAAAAAGAAUCAAGUAAAACAUUAACCGAAAGGAAUGAACUAAAAAGAAUAAAAAAAAUGAACUAAAAAGAACUUUCAUAAAUUUUCUUAGUUAAAAUCUUUAAUAGCAAACUAAAAUAACAGAAAAAAUCUUUAAUAGCAAAGAAUUCAAAUUUGAAAACUACUGGCACUAAUAGAAAUUUUAUAACAGAAAGUUUAUAAUUUUUGUUACCUAAAGCAAAAAGAAUCAUUCAAAANNNNNNNNNNNNNNNNNNNNNNNNNNNNNNNNNNNNNNNNNNNNNNNNNNNNNNNNNNNNNNNNNNNNNNNNNNNNNNNNNNNNNNNNNNNNNNNNNNNNCUAAUGGCGCACCAGCACGUGGUGCGCCAUUAGUAACCUGGUUAGUAAUGGCGCAUCUGUUAGUAGUGCGCCACUACUAUAAAAAAAAUUGGUUUUUUUUUGCAAACUACUAAUGGCGCACCAAAGCUAGUGCGCCAUUAGUAACCAGUGUUACUAAUGGCGCAUCUGUUGGUGGUGCGCCACUACUAAGUUCUUUUUACAGAACUACUAAUGGCGCACAAGAGGAGGUGCGCCAUUAGUAACCUGGUUAGUAAUGGCGCAUCUGUUAGUAGUGCGCCACUACUAUAAAAAAAAUUGGUUUUUUUUUGCAAACUACUAAUGGCGCACCAAAGCUAGUGCGCCAUUAGUAACCAGUGUUACUAAUGGCGCAUCUGUUGGUGGUGCGCCACUACUAAGUUCUUUUUACAGAACUACUAAUGGCGCACAAGAGGAGGUGCGCCAUUAGUAGUUCUGUAAAAAAAAUAGUAAUGGCGCACCACCUACGAAUGCGCCAUUAGUGACCCUGGUUACUAAUGGCGCACCUCCUCUUGUGCGCCAUUAGUAGUUCUGUAAAAAGAACUUAGUAGUGGCGCACCACCAACAGAUGCGCCAUUAGUAACACUGGUUACUAAUGGCGCACUAGCUUUGGUGCGCCAUUAGUAGUUUGCAAAAAAAAACCAAUUUUUUUUAUAGUAGUGGCGCACUACUAACAGAUGCGCCAUUACUAACCAGGUUACUAAUGGCGCACCACGUGCUGGUGCGCCAUUAGUAGUUUUGCAAAAAAAAAUAUAUAUAUAUAGUAGUGGCGCACCGAGACUGUGGUGCGCCAUUAGUAUCCACCACACUAAUGGCACACCUCACAUGGUGCACCAUUACUAUAUAGUAGUGGCGCACUGCUUGUGUGGUGCGCCAUUAGUAUCUAUAUCAUCUAUAUCCCUUUUCCUAGUAGUGGAGGGGCCAAGUCUGCGCUCUAUCUACCCCUCCUCCUAUAUAUAGAGAGGGAGAUAGAGGGCAGUACCACCCCAAGGCAUUUCUCCUCCGAAAAGCAUCUGCGGCAACGCUUGGCGAAGCCCUCUUGAGAUCGCACCACCACUGCCGCCACCAUGCCGUUGUGCUACCCGAGAACUCAUCUACAAGUUCAGCCAUGCUUGCUGAAUCGAGAUCAUGAAGACGUCAUCGUGUUGUACGUGUGCUGAACGCAGAGGUGCCGUCUGUUCGGCACUUGAUCGGAACGAUCGUGACUUGAUCGCGAAGACGUUCGACUACAUCAAGCACNNNNNNNNNNNNNNNNNNNNNNNNNNNNNNNNNNNNNNNNNNNNNNNNNNNNNNNNNNNNNNNNNNNNNNNNNNNNNNNNNNNNNNNNNNNNNNNNNNNNUUUUGAAUGAUUCUUUUUGCUUUAGGUAACAAAAAUUAUAAACUUUCUGUUAUAAAAUUUCUAUUAGUGCCAGUAGUUUUCAAAUUUGAAUUCUUUGCUAUUAAAGAUUUUUUCGGUUAUUUUAGUUUGCUAUUAAAGAUUUUAACUAAGAAAAUUUAUGAAAGUUCUUUUUAGUUCAUUUUUUUUAUUCUUUUUAGUUCAUUCCUUUCGGUUAAUGUUUUACUUGAUUCUUUUUAGUUCAUUCUUUUAGUUGAUUCUUUGCAGUUCAUUCUUUUUAACAACUAAAUACUUUGAUAAUUUUAGUUAAUAUCUUUUAAUUCUUUUUAGUUCAUUAUUUUUAACAAAUCAAUACUUUGAUGAUUUUAGUUAAUAUUAUUUUGAUUCUUGUUAGUUCAUUCUUUUUUCUGUUAGUUAUUCUUUGAGCUAAAUGACCUUGAUAUUGAAAAACACUACAAAUAAACUUGAAAAGGUUGAAAGUUGGCAUGGUAUCAUCAUUUCACCCACAUAGCAUAUGCUAAAAAGUUGAGAGGGUUACGACAGAAACUGGAUGCACUUCGUGUGCAAAAUCGACAAUCUCUUUCGAAGUAUCACGGUUUCAGACGAAAACUCAUCUGUUACAAAGGUAUUUCAUUUUUUUGAACUUAUUUGAACUCCAGACUUUUUGUGCAUUCAACAUGAACCAUUCAAAAGCCACACCAUCAAUUUUCAACCGUUUCUCACUUCAUUUGGUAUUUUUCAUGCAUUUACUGAUUGUUUUUAGCUAAAUGACCCUGAAACUGAAAAGCACUACAAAUGAACACACUGAAAAGGUUGAGAGUUGUCAUGGUAUUAUCAUUUCACCCACAUAGCAUGUGCUAAAAAAUUGAAAGGGUUACGACAAAAAUGUAUCAUCAUUUCACCCACAUAACACACUGAAAGGGUCUAUCUUGCCCUCCACUCCCACGAUGUCUCUUUUCUCUGAAAGAACUAUGUGGCGCUUUGGCUCAUCGUAUGAUGUAUUCGCUUCUUUAUCUUUUCUUUUUCUCAGUUUGGUAGACAUGUCCUACACAUAGAAAACAUACGUCACAUCAUUGGCUAGGACGAAUGGUUUGUUUGUGUACCCAAGAUUGUUCAGAUCCACUUUUGUCAUUCCAUACUGUGGGUCUACCUGUACCCCACCUCCUAAUAGAUUGACCCAUUUGCAUCGAAAUAAAGGGACCUCAAUAUCAUGUCCAUAGUCUAAGUUCCCAUAUGUCCACUAUGUAACCAUAAUACGUGUCAUUUCCCCCCUUGGUUGCUGCAUCAAAGCGGACAACACUAUUUUGGUUGGUGCUCUUUUGAUCUUGGGCAAUCGUAUAAAAUGUAUUCUCAUUUAUCUCGUACCCUUUGUAAGUCAAUACAGUCGAAGAUGCUCCCCUGGCCAAUGAGUAGAGCUCACCUUCAACAAAUAAUAAUAAAAGUAAGAAAUUUAUACAAGUAUCUAUCUAAAUCAUACAAGUAAGAAGGGGGGGGGGGAAAGAAAAUAAGAACAAGAGGCUCACCAUGGUGGUGCCGUGACGAGAUCGGCGUGGACGAUCAACGACGGUGAGGACGGGGAUGGGACGACACGCUACACAUGUGCAAACUCUAAGAAGUUAAUUGGAGCAAAAUUGUGCAUCUACAUAAAAAGAACUCCCACAUACACUGCUACACUAAAACCCAGAAACCUCUCUACUUCUAGAGCAUUUGAAAUGAGCUAAACUAGGAGUGGGAGAUGAAAGGAUGAAGUAGCUAACCUUUUAGAACACAUGUGUAGUUGGUGCACCGCCAAACCAAAACAAAUCUUGAGGAAAAUGGAGCUUGGAGGUCGAGCUUCAAGAGGAGAAAGCUUAAGUGUGGCUCGGGCAUUUCAUCGAACACCUCAUGUGCAUGCGUGGAACGAUGAACCGAGCACUGCAUGCACACCUCCCACACGGCAAAAAACAGAGGAGAGGAUGGGUAGGUGCGUGUAUAUAUAGGAAUCUCUUUGGUCCCGGUUGGUGGUCAAAACCGGGACAGAAAACUGACCUUUAGUCCCAGUUCCAUCCACCAACCGGGACUAAAGGUUCUUCUCCAAGAGCGAGGACCAUUGGUCCCGGUUCUUGUCUGGAACUGGGACCAAAGUGGUCAGACGAACUGGGACCCUGGCCCGGCCGGUGCCUUAGCCUCACGAACCGGGACUGAUGAACACAUUGGUCCCUGUUCGUAACAGAACCGGGAUUAAAGCUCUUUGAUCGCCUCGACCAAAGCCCUAUUUUCUACUAGUGUAGUCGAAUUGUACAAAAGAAAAUUAAAAGUUAAUUAAAGCAAAAAAAAUCAUACGUCAUACUUUAUUAACAAAAAUUACAUGUCGUCUUUACAUACCAUAAUAAUCUCAAAGUCAUCAUGUAGCUUGAUGGUGAAGGACGUACCGUUGUCUAGGUGAGGAUAACGGUCGCAUAUACUCGUGUCAUCCCGGCACAACUGGCACUUAGGGAUCCUAUCGUCGUCGGACCACGUCAUUUCCUAUGUUCAUCAUUCUAAGAUUAAAAAUCGACGGCAAUUUUUUUUCUUGAUGCUUAUAGAUUCUAAGAUUAACAUUUUAGUAUUUAAUGGAAAAACUGAAUCAUAUAUAGUAGUCAGUCGUCGACGUCCAGAACUUAAUGCCUAAUAAGAAGUAACCUAGUAUUUUCAUAUAAACAUUAGCACAAAUACGGGAGGGGCCUAAUAAGAAGUAGCCUAGUAAGUCACACCAACAUUACUCCCUCCUUUCCUAAAUAUAAGACCUUCUAGAGAUUACACUAUAAACUACAUACCGAUCAAAAUGAGUUAAUCUACAUUCUAAAAUAUCUAAAAUUCCUAUACAAAAUUCCUAAAAUGAGCGUCGUAGGGGCGGCGGCGGUGCUGAAGUGGGCGGGGGCGACCAGCGGAGGCGGAGGCGGAGGCGGGGCCGACGGCGAAGCUGCGGUGGGCGGGCGCGAGUAACGAAGGAGGAGGCGGAGGCAGGGCUGGCGGCGGAGCUACGGUGCGUGGGGGCAAGCAUCGGAGGAAGGGCCGACACGGAGAGAUGAUCAGAAGACAAACCAACGCAAGCCCAAUCUCCAUCAACGUGUCAACUUCUGGCGCUGUUGUCUAGGACCGUAGCAGAAGGAUUUCUGGCGCCGUCGCUGGGGAGGAAGAUCAAGUCAAGAACUCAUCCAAGUAGGUGUCGCAAACUCACCUCUUGCAUUUACUUUGUUUGCCAGUUGCCUCUCGUUUUCCUCUCCCCACUUCACCUAUUUGCCUUUUUCGUUUGCCUUUUUUUCGUUUGCCUUUUUCGGUCGCCCUUUUCUCUCGCUUGCUUUCUGUUCGCUUAUGUGCCAUGUGCCUUAAAUAUGCUUGCAUCUUCGCUUGCUGAAAAUCUAGUGAUAUGGAUCCUCAUCCACUUGCUAAUGUCUUUAAGAGAUCCAAUUAUGUUGAUCCAAUUGCUAGUGAGUUGAGUGCACUUGACUAUCUUUAUGGAGUUUUGCUUGAGAUGCGUGAAUCUGAAAAUUGUGAGGAAGAAAUUUAUGAAGUGAUUCAUGAGGGCUCCUUGGAUGAAAAGCAUGAUUGCAAUGGUUUCACUGUAAAUUUGGGGAUGCUAAGAACAUGCAAAACCAUAAGCUUGGGGAUGCUAGUUUUGUUAUGUCCACUACUUGUUGCAAUGAACAAGAGUGGGGCGAUGAUUUUUCUUAUGAUCUUAAAAAUUUGUUUAAGCCUCAUGAUGAAUAUGAUUUUGCAAUAAGAUUAAAAGUGGGUUUGGAGAAGUCAUGGCUUUAGUUGAUGAUAAUCCCACUAUUUUUGAAGAGCGUUAACUUUGCAUGCAUGUGGAUCAUGAAAAGAAUAUCAUAUGGGAUAGCUAUAUUGUUGAAUUUGAAUACGAUCCCACAUGUAAUUGCUAUGAGAAAGGAAAAUAUUGUGGCAGAAACUUUCAUGUUACCAAAUUACCUCUCGUUAUGUUGAGAUUGCUAUUGUCUCUUUCUUCUUCCUUGCAUUUGGUAACUAUUGGUUGCUUGACCAAUUUUUUUUCCUAUAAAAUGCCUAUGCAUAGGAAGUAUGUUAGACUUCGAUGUGAUUUUCACAUGCUUGAUGAUGCUCUCGUUGUGCUUCAACUCUCGUCUUUUGCGUGAGCAUCAUUGAAUUCGUUAUGCCUAGCUAAGGGCGUUAAACAAUAGCGCUUGUUGGGAGGCAACCCAAUAAAUUUAUUUCUUUUUCUUUCUAAUUUGUUGCGUCCACACUAUCAGAAUUCUGUUAUGAUUGUGUCUUUUGUGUUUCUUUUUGUGUUUGAGCCAAGCAAAACCUUUAUGACUAGUCUUGGUGAUGGUUGUUUGAUCCUGCUGGAAAAAGACAGAAACUUUUCGCUCACGAGAUGAUUUUUCAUUUUUAUUCAGAAAGAGAUUUUGACUUGAUUCUUUUUUCCGCUGGUUGAUAUACCUUUUUCCCAGGCAUUCACAAUUUUUCAGAAAUUUUUUGAGUUACCACAAGUAUAGGAAGUAUACAGAUUACUACAGACUGGUCUGUUUUUGACAGAUUCUGUUUUUGUUGAGUUGGUUGCCUGUUUUGAUGAAACUAUGGUUAGUAUCGGGGGGUACUAGCCAUGGAAAAGUGAGAAUACAGUAGCCCAACACCAAUAUAGAUAGAAUUCAAGUUUGCUACAGUACCAAAAGAAGUGGUAAUUUGUUUUCUUGUGCUAAUGUUAUCACGAGCUUCUGUUUAAGUUUUGUUUUGUGAAGUUUUCAAGUUUUGGGUGAUGUUCUCAUGGACAAAGAGAUAAGGAGUGGAAAUAGCUCAAGCUUGGGGAUGCCCAAGGCAUCCCAAGCCAAAUUCAAGGACACCAAAAAGCCUAAGCUUGGGGAUGCCCCGGGAAGGCAUCCCAUCUUUCGUCUUCAAUCCAUCGGUAACAUUACUUGGAGCUAUAUUUUUAUUCACCACGUGAUAUGUGUUUUGCUUGGAUCGUCUUGUAUCUUAGGAGUCUUUUCGUUUUGUUGUGUCACAAUCAUCCUUGCUCCACACCUUUUUGAUAGAGAGAGAGACAUGCACUCAUCGUGAUUUUUCUAGAAUGCUCAUAGUGCUUCACUUAUAUCUUUUGAGCUAGAUACUUUUGCUCUAGUGCUUCACUUAUAUCUUUUAGAGCACGGCGGUGCGUGAUUUGGUAGUUGACUUAUGCUAUGAAAGUAGUCCCAAAUGUGAUAAGUACCCAAAGAGGAUGCAAAAACCUCCAUUUUCAUGUGCAUUGAGUAGAAAGAGAAGUUUUGAUUCCUCCAAUUAGUUUUGAGACGUGGAUUUGGUAAUAUUAAGAGCUAUGUUAGUAGGGUGUUGUGAAUCUAGAAAUACUUGUGUUGAAGUUAGUGAUUCCUGUAGCAUGCACGUAUGGUGACCGCUAUGUUAGGAAAUCGGAGCAUAAUUGAUCUAUUGAUUGUCAUCCUUUGUGUUGAGGUCGGGAUCGCGCGAUGGUUAACACCUACCAACCCUUCCCCUCAGAGUAUGCGUUUAGCACUUUGUUUCGGUUACUUAUAAAAACUUUCGCAACAAGUAUGUGAGUUAUUCAUGACUAAUGUGAGUCCAUGGUAUAGAUGAACUUUCACCUUCCACCAUUACUAGUCUCUUUAGUGCCGCGCAAUUCUCGCCGGUGCACAAACCCACCAUAUGCCUUCCUCAAAACAGCCACCAUACCUACCCACUAUGGCAUUUUCAUAGCCAUUCCGAGAUAUAUUGCCAUGCAACUCCCACCGUUCCGUCUCAUGACUUCUGCCGUCACUCUCAUAUUUCCAUUGCAUGAUCGUAAGAUAGCUAGCGAGAUGUUUCAACGGCAUACGCCAUCUAGAUCGUUGCACAUCCCGGUACACUGCCGGACGCAUUUCCUAUAGGGUCGUCAUCAUUGAGCUAUGAGUAAAUUAAAGUGUGAUGAUCAUCAUUAUUAGAGAAUUGUCCCGUGUGAGGAAAUAAAAAAAGAGUCCAAAGAGCCCAAAAACAAAAAAAGGAGAAAAGAAAAAAAGGCCUAAGAGCCCAAAUGAAAAAAAGAGAAACCCCCCCCCCCCCCAGAGAAGGGAUAAUGCUACUAUCCUUUUCCACACUUGUGCUUCAUAAUAGCACCAUAUUCUUCAUGAUUGAGAGCUUCUUGCUUUGUCACUACCAUAUGCUAGUGGGAAUUUUCAUUAUAUAACUUGGUUUGUAUAUUCCAAUGAUGGGCUUCCUCAAAAUUGCCCUAUGUCUUCGUGAGCAAGCAAGUUGGAUGCACACCCACUAGUUCUCCUUUUGAGCUUUCACAUACUUAUAGCUCUAGUGCAUCUCUUGUAUGGCAAUCCCUACUCAUUCACAUUGAUAUCUAUUAAUGGGCAUCGCCAUAACCCUUUGAUACGCCGAGUCAAUGUGACUAUCUCCUCCCUUUUUGUCUCACAACCACCACCACACUCUAUUCCACCUAUAGUGCUAUAUCCAUGGCUCACGCUCAUGUGUUGCGUGACUGUUAUAAAAAGUUUGAGAAAGUAAGAGUGCGAAAACAAUUACUUGGCCAAUACCGGGGUUGUGCAUGAUUUACAUUAGUUGUGUGAGGAUGAUGGAGCAUAGCGAGUGAUGGGGUUAUAGUCCCAGGGUAGGGUCAUAGGUCUGCCCUAUAGGUCCUACCCAAGGACUACCCUUCAUAGGGGAGAAGGCCCUUAGACAGUUCCAACUGAACUAAGGACGCCCCCAUCAUCCAGUCGGCGACGAUCCACUCGGAGCAUAUCUAACGUACCGACUGGAAUCCACUCUGUACAUCCACUACAGGAAUCACCUUCUUUGGCAUCUGCCAUCACGGACGGCAAAGACAAAUACCCGGACGGCAAAGAACAUACCACAGACGGCAAAGAUUGUCACGGCUGGCAAAUUUUCUGCGUCAGCCUACGAUGGCAUAGGACAUUCUUUGCCGUCUGCCCCCCCCCCCAAAGCGGACGGCAAAGCUCUUUGCCGUCAGCUUCCUUGAGGAGCAGUCGGCAAAGAGCUUGAGACGGCAGCCGAGAGGCGUUGCCUCCGUUAGGGGUUAACGGAGGCUCUUUGCCGUCUGCCUGCUGGUCAAUCUUUGCCGUCUGCCGUGUCCUCCCCUCCCCCUCUCUCCACUCCUGCCCCUCCUCUGUGCCCUCUUCUUUGCCGUCUGCCCCCCCAGCAGGCAGACGGCAAAGAGCCUAUAUGGCCAGCUGCUACUGCCCAGGAAGCACAGCUGGUUGCCAUGUGGCACCUUUGCCGUCUGCUGGCUGAUGGCAAAGGCCUUUGCCAUCAGCCAGCAGACGGCAAAGAGCCCAUAUUGUCACUGUUUUUUUCAUUUUAUGUUAUUUCACAGCAAUAAUAUAUAUAAUUCAUAGCACAUAUAUGAUAUAUAGUUCACAACACAUAUAUGAUAUACAUAUAAAGUUAACCAAUGUCAUUUGUUCAUCAAUGGACAUCCAUAUAUCAAAAGAAACCAACAUAUACAAAGUUUCAUCCAUAUAUAUAUACAUAUAGUUCCACAUAUAUUGUUCAUCAACACAUUGNNNNNNNNNNNNNNNNNNNNNNNNNNNNNNNNNNNNNNNNNNNNNNNNNNNNNNNNNNNNNNNNNNNNNNNNNNNNNNNNNNNNNNNNNNNNNNNNNNNNGCUCCCAGCCUGGCCCUCGGCUCCUGGCGCAACAGGGCCGUGCUGAGGAACGACGAUGGCGCCGGCUCCUGGUGCCGGCUUGACAGCUAGCUCGGGCGCCAUCCCGGCCGGCGCUACCUCCUCCGCAGGAGGCGGAUGGGCCGCGUCCGGCGCAUCCACGGUCGCCCCUGGGAAGUUAGGGGCCAUGUCCGGCGCACCUAAGUCCAGCUCCGGUGCAUCGGGUGCCGCCUCGGCCCUAGGAGAGUCAGGGAUCGUUUCCAGGUCCACCUCCGCCGAGGCUUCCGGCUCUGAUGGCUGGGCCCCCUCGGCCCUUGGGGCUGGCCUGGAGGCGGCCUCGCUAGCUGGCUCCUCCGCACGAGCAUGUGCGGAGGGGUCAUGUCUAGCCUUCACACGCUUCUCCACCGGCCUCUCGACCCGGCUGGGGCGAGGCUGACCCACGGUGGCCUUCCCCGCAGCCGUGUCCCACCGGCGCUUGGACUCCGUCUCAAGCUCCCUCUGGGCAGCAUCAGCUCCUGCCCAGCCAGCCCGCUCGGCUGCGGAGGCGGUGUCUUCAUCCGCAUACUCCGCCUCCCUGUCAAGCAAAACUCCUAAGGAACAAAGCUCAUCACAAGAUGGAUAAAGGAAAAGAGGAGGAAAUCUUACCCCGCUACCANNNNNNNNNNNNNNNNNNNNNNNNNNNNNNNNNNNNNNNNNNNNNNNNNNNNNNNNNNNNNNNNNNNNNNNNNNNNNNNNNNNNNNNNNNNNNNNNNNNNAGGUUAGUUAGGUUAGUUGUUAGUGGUUACGUACUGGUAAUUAGGUUAGUUAGGUUACUUGUUAGUUGUUAGUGGUAAUUAGGUUAGUUGUUAGUGGUAUUACCCCUCGAGCUAGGUUAGUUGUUAGGUUAGUUGUUAAUUACCUACUGUGUGUUAGGUUAGUUGUUAGGUUUGUAGUUGACCGUGUAGAGCCCUCCGGUCGCCGCCUAUGCUUGCACUAGCCACAACGUUGAGGAUAUUACAACAGCUCGCAAUAGUAGUUGUCGCACCGACACGACAUCUCGACGACACCCCUGACACCCGUCACGAUGCCCCGAAACCCCGACACGACGCCCCGACACGACAUCUCNCCGACACGAUGCCCCGAAACCCCGACACGACGCCCCGACACGACAUCUCGACGACACCCCGGCAUGAAAUAUUUUUUUAUGGAACCUAGAAAGUUUUAUAAAGUAGUAUAGGUAACCUGGAAAGUUUUAUAGGUAACAUAGAAAGUUUUAUAGGUAACCUAGAAAGUUUUNNNNNNNNNNNNNNNNNNNNNNNNNNNNNNNNNNNNNNNNNNNNNNNNNNNNNNNNNNNNNNNNNNNNNNNNNNNNNNNNNNNNNNNNNNNNNNNNNNNNCAUAGUUUGAGGAGUUCAUGUGUUCACCAAGUGCUAAUGCGUUGGUCCGGUUCUUUAUGAAAAGGAGAACCUUAAUAUCCCACAGUUUCCUUUUGGACCCCGCUGCCAUGGGAGGGAUGGACAAUAGAUGUCAUGCAAGUUCUUUUCCCUAAGAAGGUAUGACGACACACGGAAUGCAUGCCUACAUCACAUUGACGAACGGGAGCUAGCCACAUAUCUCUCCGUGUUAUAGCUGUUGCAUGAUGAAUAUCAUCCAAACAAAUCACCGACCCAUUGCCUACGAGUUUGUCCUACUGCUGCUGCUACUACUAUUGCUACUACUGAUGUUACUUGUCUUGCUCUGCUGCUGCUGCUACUACUGUUGCUACUACUGUUACUUGUCUUGCUCUGCUGCUAUUGUUGCUACUACUGUCGCUUGCUACUCUUGCUACUUGCUACUGCUGUCACUACUGCUGUUCCUUGCCACUACUAUUACUCGUUACACUGCUGCUACCUGCUACACUGUUGGUUCACCGGCCGUUGACGGGAACUGACAACUUCCGUCAACGCGGCAACGGAGGCGCCAUUGAUACGAUCGUUAGGAAUAGUCUGCCGUCAACAGAUCAUUUCUGACACCGUUGUUAUCAUACUACUUUGUUGUUACUACUAUGCUUGCAAAUACUAAUCUUUCAGGUGUGGUUGAAUCCGACAAAUUCAGCUGCUAAUACUCGAGAGUAUUCUCUCACCUCCCGACUGGCUUAUGAACAAAUUGGGUCGAAUACUCUACCCUCGAAAACUACUGCGAACCCACUUGCUGGUGGGCCGUCAACAACAUUCUUCUAGUUUCAUUACUGGGGAGUGCUAUCAGCAUUCUUCUGGUGCUGUUGCAGGAGAAGGUUCGUUGUCAUAAGCAUUCGUCUAGCUAACGCCAGAGAUUGCAGAUCAGUUCUCCACUCAUCAAGCGAGCUAAUAUCAAAUAACCUCUUCUCACCGGCAAGUUUGGAAUCAAAGUUGAGCUCGUUGAUUGCCCAAUAAGCUUUAUGCUCUAUCUCAAGAGGUAAAUGACAUGCUUUACCGUACACCAUUUUCUACGCAGACAUGCCCAUGGGAUUCUUAUGGGCAGUUCUAUAAACCCAAAGUGCAUCAUCGAGCUUCUUAGACAAAUUCUUUCCAGACCUGUUGACAGUCUUUUGCAGAAUCAGUUUAAUCUCUCUAUUACUUAGCUCUACUUGACCACUGCACUGAGGGUGAUAGGGAGACGCAAUUCUAUGGUUGACAUCGUACUUAGCAAGCGUUUUACGGAAAGCGCCAUGAAUGAAGUGUGAACCACCGUCAGUCAUUAGAUAUCUAGGGACUCCAAAUCUAGGGAAGAUAACUUCUUUCAGCAUCCUGAUAGAGGUGUUGUGAUCAGCACUACUAGUGGGGAUAGCUUCUACCUACUUAGUGACGUAAUCAACAGCAACUAGGAUAUGAGUAUACCCGUUGGAUUUGUGAAAAGGUCCCAUAUAAUCAAAGUCCCAAACAUCAAAUGGUUCAAUGACAAGUGAAUAGUUCAUAGGCAUUUCCUGAUGUUUGCUAAUAUUACCUAUUCUUUGACAUUCGUCACAAGACAAGACAAACUUACGGGCAUCCUUGAAGAGAGUGGGGCCAAUAGAAACUUGAUUGCAAUACCUUGUGUGCAGUUCUAUCUCCCGCAUGGUGUCCUCCGUAGGCCUCGGAGUGACACUUCUGUAGGAUUUGUCCCUGUUCAUGUUCAGGUACACAACGUCUAAUAACACCAUCUACUCCUUCCUUACAAAGGUGAGGAUCAUCCCAAAACUAGUGUCUCAAGUCAAAGAAGAAUUUCUUCUUUUGCUGGUAUGUGCAACUAGGUGGUAUAUAUUUGGCAACGAUAUAGUUUGCAUAAUCAGGAUACCACGGUGCACUACGUGAAGCAUUGAUGACUUUCAGUUUCUCAUCGGGAAAGUUAUCAUCAAUAGGUUGUGGGUCAUCAAGAACGUUCUCCAACCUAGACAAAUUAUCUGCUACGGGGUUAUCAGCACCCUUCCUGUCGACAACGUGCAAAUCAAAUUCUUGUAGCAAGAGAACCCAUCUGGUAAGUCUAGGUUUAGUGUCCUUCUUCUCCGUGAGGUACUUAAUAGCAGCGUGAUCAGUGUGAAUAGUGACUUUGGAAUCAACUAUGUAAGACCUGAACUUUUAACCUCAAACACGACUUCUAAAAAUUCCUUCUUCGUAGUAGCAUAGUUUCUGUGGGCACUUGAUACAUCUCCAACGUAUCUAUAAUUUUUUAUGGUUCCAUGCAAUUAUCUUGUCAAACUUUGGAUGUUUUAUAUGCAUGAAUAUGCUAUUUUAUAUCUUUUGGGGGAUUAACCUAUUAACUCAGUGCCAAGUGCCAGUUUCUAUUUUUCCCGUGUUUUUGACCCUUUUUCAGAUAGAGUCCAAAUGGAAUGAAACUUUACGAUGAUUUUUUUGGGACCAAAAGAGACCCCCGAAGCUUUGGAAGAAGGCCAGAAGAGCCACGAGGGAGUCACAAGCCCAUGGGGCGCGGCCUACCCCCCUGGUCGCACCGUGCGGGCUUGUGACCUCCUCGUGGGCCCAACUAACGCAAUUCCACCGCCAUAAAUUCCUAUAAAUUCGGAAACCUCCAAAAAUAAACCUAGAUCGGGAGUUCCGCCGCCGCAAUCCUCUGUAGCCACCAAAAACCAAUCGGGAGCCCGUUCCAACACCUUGUCGGAGGGGAAUCCAUCUCCGGUGGACAUCUUCAUCAUCCCGACGAUCUCCAUGACGAGGAGGGAGUAGUUCUCCCUCGGGGGUGAGGGUAUGUACCAGUAGCUAUGUGUUUGAUCUCUCUCUCUCUCUCUCGUGUUCUUGAGAUAUCUUGAUCUCGAUGUACCGUGGGCUUUGCUACUAUAGUUGGAUCUUAUGAUGUUCUUCCCCCUCUCCCUUCUUGUAAUGAAUUGAGUUUCCCCUUUGAAGUUAUCUUAUCGGAUUGAGUCUUUGAGAACACUCGAUGUAUGUCUUGCACGUGUCUAUCUGUUGUGAUCAACUUGCGGGUUUGUGACAAUUGGGAACCUAUGCAUAUGGNNNNNNNNNNACUUUUGCUCUUGUGCUCCACUUAUAUCUUGUGAUCAACUUGCGGGUUUGUGACAAUUGGGAACCUAUGCAUAUGGGUUGGCACACGUGGAUUCAUGUGAGUACUCGAUGUAUGUUUUGGUGAUCAACUUGCGGGUUCGUGACAUUGGGAACCUAUGCAUAGGGGUUGGCACACGUUUAGACUCUCNNNNNNNNNNNNNNNNNNNNNNNNNNNNNNNNNNNNNNNNNNNNNNNNNNNNNNNNNNNNNNNNNNNNNNNNNNNNNNNNNNNNNNNNNNNNNNNNNNNNUUUUGUGAACUUCACUUUUGUCCACGACUCUGCUUUCCGACCAGAGCAUAAUUUUCUUCUCUAUGAUCUGUGUAUGUACGAGCAUAGGUUGUGGAGCAUAUAUGCAUAUGUAAAUUCUAGCACCGCCUACACAUAUACAACACCUGUGUCAUAUUUAUAAUAUAUACAACAAGCGGACCAUUGUCUUGCUGUUAAUUAUCGGAAAAGUUNNNNNNNNNNCAAUGGCCUAUGUCGUAUGAAGGUCUUCUGUGAACUUCACUUUUGUCCAUGACUCUGCUUUCCGACUAGAGCAUAAUUUGCAUCUCUAUGAUCUGUGUUUGUACGAGCAUAGGUUGUGGAGCAUAUAUGCAUAUGUAAAUUCUAGCACGGCCUACACAUAUACAACACCUGUGCCAUAUUUAUAAUAUACAACAAGCGGACCAUUGUCUUGCUGUUAAUUAUCGGAAAAGUUUAUUUUAUUUAGCACUGCAAUGGAUGUCUCGCAGCUAGUGGGUGGAAGAUUCCUGUAUUUGACAUUAAGACCCACUGAUUGACAAUUGCAAUUUUCAGUUUCUUUACUUAUAUCAAUAACAAAAUAGCUGUGGUAUCUUUUCCAUGUCACUACCAUCAUUUUCAUCGGUUUUUGCUAGUAGAAUAGGAUGACACAUAUUCUUAGUAGAGACACUUACUAAAGAACGUGUGAUGGUCUGGAUAAUAAGCAUCUAACUGACUAGAUAUAGCAACAACAUUCGAACCAUAUUAUGGAUCUAUUGGAAUAAAUCUCGAACAUGCAUUGCAUGAGCUCCUUGAGAAGGAUUGUAAUCAUGCUAGUGNNNNNNNNNNUUGUGAUGGUCUGGAUAAUAAGCAUCUAACUGAACUAGAUAUAACAACAACAUUCGAACCAUAUUAUGCAACUAUUGGAAUAAAUCUCCAACAUGCAUUGCAUGAGCUCCUUGAGAAGGAUUGUAAUCAUGCUAGUGAAAAUCAAGAAAAAAAACUCGGAUUUCUGUAAGUACUAUGGAGCAACAGCUCCACCGUCCUUUAUUCCAUGAAAACAAAAGCAGGCAAGAAAUAUUUACAAAGGGAACAAAGGAAAAAGAAAAAAACACUUACCUACUUACCUAUUUAUCUAAUGGAGGUUAGAGCAACCUCAACCGGACGAUCCAAAUGAAUGUGUGUUUUGCCCACGUUCUGACCGUUUGGGACGGCAUGUCCGCCCUGUUUUUCUUUUGGGUCGGCCGUGUGCCCAAGCGCCGACCAUCUUUCGUUAGCACGACAGGCUUGCAGGCAUUUUUUGAUCGCUUUGUCAUGUAUGUAUACAAUUUGAUCCUAUAUUAACAAAGUUAUGUAAAAAUACAAAACGUUUCAUAGUUCAGACACCACAUAAAUAUCUCAUACACUAGUAGAGAAAUGAGCUAUAGUCCCGGUUGAACACGACCUUGGACUAAAAGUCCCACCACGUGGCAGCAAGUGCGCUGGGGGUGGGGACCUUUAGUCCCGGUUGGUGACACCAACGAGGACUAAAAGGCAGCCAUGCGCUAGCACUGCUAAGCCCUGUGGUUUAUGUUUUUUUUGAGAUGGGGGUUUAUCUGUGAACGCGUGGGUCGACCACGCGGUNNNNNNNNNNNNNNNNNNNNNNNNNNNNNNNNNNNNNNNNNNNNNNNNNNNNNNNNNNNNNNNNNNNNNNNNNNNNNNNNNNNNNNNNNNNNNNNNNNNNAGAAACUUUCUGCUCACGAAAUUAUUUUUCAUUUCUAUUCAGAAAGAGAUUUUGAGUUUAUUCUUUUUGCUGCUGAUUGAUAUACUUUUUUUCCAGGCCGUCGCAAUUGUUCAGAUUUUUUCAGGUACCAGAAGUAUCCAAAGUAUACAGAUUACUACAGACUGGUCUGUUUUUGACAGAUUCUGUUUNNNNNNNNNNCUGUUUUGAUGAAACUAUGGUUAGUAUCGGGGGGUACUAGCCAUGGAAAAGUGAGAAUACAGUAGCCCAACACCAAUAUAGAUAGAAUUCAAGUUUGCUACAGUACCAAAAGAAGUGGUAAUUUGUUUUCUUGUGCUAAUGUUAUCACGAGCUUCUGUUUAAGUUUUGUUUUGUGAAGUUUUCAAGUUUUGGGUGAUGUUCUCAUGGACAAAGAGAUAAGGAGUGGUAAGAGCUCAAGCAUGGGGAUUCCCAAGGCAUCCCAAGCCAAAUUCAAGGACACCAAAAUGCCUAAGCUUGGUGAUGCCCCGGGAAGGCAUCCCCUCUUUCGUCUUCAAUCCAUCAGUAACGUUACUUAGAGCUAUAAUUUUAUUCACCACAUGAUAUGUAUUGUUCUUGGAGCGUCUUGUAUCUUAGGAGUUUUUCCUUUUUGUUUGGUCACAAUAAUCCUUGCUGCACACCUUUUUGAGAGAGAGAGAGAUGCACUUAUCGUGAUUUUGCUAGAAUGCUCAUUGUGCUUCACUUAUAUCUUUUGAGCUAGAUACUUUUGCUCUUGUGCUUCANNNNNNNNNNNNNNNNNNNNNNNNNNNNNNNNNNNNNNNNNNNNNNNNNNNNNNNNNNNNNNNNNNNNNNNNNNNNNNNNNNNNNNNNNNNNNNNNNNNNGCUCCCAGCCUGGCCCUCGGCUCCUGGCGCAACAGGGCCGUGCUGAGGAACGACGAUGGCGCCGGCUCCUGGUGCCGGCUUGACAGCUAGCUCGGGCGCCAUCCCGGCCGGCGCUACCUCCUCCGCAGGAGGCGGAUGGGCCGCGUCCGGCGCAUCCACGGUCGCCCCUGGGAAGUUAGGGGCCAUGUCCGGCGCACCUAAGUCCAGCUCCGGUGCAUCGGGUGCCGCCUCGGCCCUAGGAGAGUCAGGGAUCGUUUCCAGGUCCACCUCCGCCGAGGCUUCCGGCUCUGAUGGCUGGGCCCCCUCGGCCCUUGGGGCUGGCCUGGAGGCGGCCUCGCUAGCUGGCUCCUCCGCACGAGCAUGUGCGGAGGGGUCAUGUCUAGCCUUCACACGCUUCUCCACCGGCCUCUCGACCCGGCUGGGGCGAGGCUGACCCACGGUGGCCUUCCCCGCAGCCGUGUCCCACCGGCGCUUGGACUCCGUCUCAAGCUCCCUCUGGGCAGCAUCAGCUCCUGCCCAGCCAGCCCGCUCGGCUGCGGAGGCGGUGUCUUCAUCCGCAUACUCCGCCUCCCUGUCAAGCAAAACUCCUAAGGAACAAAGCUCAUCACAAGAUGGAUAAAGGAAAAGAGGAGGAAAUCUUACCCCGCUACCACACGGACCUGCCUCCGGCCAGCACUGCGGCGUCUCUUGACGCCGCAUGCUCGCUGUCCAGCUGGAGGACCUGGCGCCGGCCGCAUAGAGGCCGGCGGGGAAGCUGUGGCACCCUUGCCCUUCUUCCCGGCUGCCUCGUCAGCAGCGGUCACUCCGCCCCUUUGACGCCGGCCGCGCGUCAGUGGUGGGCUGGUGACCUCCUCCACCUCAUCAGACUCCUCCUCGAAGGCUGCACCAAAACAGAAUGAGGCUAUCUCGUUGUCGUCCGUCCAGUCUGCAACGGCGGGCCGUGCGUACUCACCAGACGACUCGGUUCCUUCCGACUCCAGGGGAUUCUCCGAGCCGGCGGAGGAGUCUGAGCGGGAUUCCAUCACGCCCUCGUCCUCAAUAUCCGAGACAUUGGACACCUCCACAUCGGGAGCGGGCGGAAGGAGGGACCCCUGCAGGGUCUCGAACAGCUACAGAAAAGAGUUCAACCAAAGGCUCAGCAACGCAACCGGCUUCAAGACAAAACAACAGAGAAGAAAGAGGCCACCUACCACCGGAGGCGGAUGAACCCUGUUGAACGGGGACAUCCCCCACGUCCAUUCCCCGCUCUCAUCCAUGCGGGCGAUGGAGAUCAGGUUCACCCUUCGCGCUAUAGCGCCCGGGGUGAACCUCUUGGUGGAUAGCCGGCAUAGAUCAUGUCGGCCGCCCAUCUGGCAAACCAGAUGCGGCCGCCUCUGCGGGGGUUGAAUCCGGCGGACAACCAUGGUGGUGAGAAGGUCGCGGCCGAGGAGGCCGCUCUUCUCCAAAAUGUCGAGGUGGGCACAGAUAAGCGCCACCUCAGGAUGUGGCUUGGGAGUCUUCGCAUCCCAGUUUCGCCGCGUCGGCAGGGCGAUGUCGAACGGGGGCAUGUUGAUGGCGUCCUGGGCUGGGUCGGCGCUCUUCACGUAGAAGAAACCCUUCUUCCAAUGCUUGAUGGAUUCUUGCAGAGGCAUCUGGGGGACGCCAGACUUCGAGCGAUGAUGCACCAAUGCGGCCCCGCACGGCGUCAUUGGGCGCGGCCCCGUGAGCUUCUCCACCUCGGAUUUCUCCAUGGCGAUGGAUUGCUGCUUAAAGAAGAACAGGCUGCGCCACAGAUCGACGCGAGGCUCGAUCCCCACGAAGCCCUCGCACAGGACCAUGAAGGCGGCAAGCUGCAGUAUGGCGUUCGGCGCCAGAUGAUGCGGCUGCAGGCCAAAGAAAUGCAGCCAUUCGGCGAAAAAAGAGCUAGCCGGGAGCCCGAAGCCCCGGUAGAAGUGCUCGACGUAGACCACGACCUCUCCCGCGGCGGGUGCAGGAGCGGUCUCGGCGCUGGGGAGGCGCACCAAUACUUGGGAGGCCGGGGGCAGCAGUCGAUGGUGACGAAGCGCUUCGAUGUGCCCCUCGUCAACGUCGCUACCCAACCAGGCUCCCUGUGAGGACGCCUUCUGCGUCGAGGACUUCUUCGAGGAAGAACCGCCGGCCAUGGCUGUGGGUGACAAGAGCUCGAAGUAGUCGGCGAUGUCGCGACGGCGAAGAUGAAGAGGGCGAAGGGCGCGAGCUCUUCUUCUCAGAGCGCAGGGAGGAAGAGAGCGCGAAUGCAGGGCGACAAGAGGGGGCGAAUGGCUUCCUCAGAACCCUCGCGUCCCAUUUAAACCCCCACGAAGCGUCAUGGGGAGGGGAUCCGGUGCGCACCGGGCCCCAUUAACCCCGUGUAUUACGGGCGGUAACGCGUCCCUAAGCCCAACUGCCGCGGAGUAAAUCCGCAGAGGAUCUCCCGCGCGGAGGCCGAGGGGGCGUCGUGGCGAGACCCAGAGCCCAGGCCCGGUCCCGUCAGCAGUAAUCGCCAUCAUUCCGCCAGGCGGGGCCUGGCACGUGGCGUUCUCCGAGCAAGUUACGACUAGACCGAGGCGUCGCUUCGAAGCCACCCGGUUUCGAAGCCGGCGUCCUUCGUCACGAAUAGAGGCCAAAAUAUCAAGACAAAUCAACAAGCCGGUGAGGCCGCCCACCCGCAGGCGGCAGACCUCGCCAGCUUCGGGGACUACUGUCGGGGGGAUAACCCCGGGGUAGGCUUAUCGAGCCUAUUCCUUCAUUUCCGGCCCAAUGGACAUGAACGUAUGCAGAUUCCCAAGGCCCAAGUCUUCUGGCCGGCUAGGCAUCACCUACCGGCUAGAGGACUUGGCGGCCAUCUUUCUGUUCGGCCAGGCAACCCUUGCCAGCUAGAGUCAAGGCGGCCUCCUCUUCUGAGCCGGCCAGGUCCCGCCAGCCGGACUGGGGAGGAGGCGGCCGCACUUAAGCCGGCUAGCCAAGAAGGCUAGUCGGUCGAGGAUCACAGGUCACAUCAGACCGUAGGUCAGGAUAAGACCUCACGAUUAAAGGUAGCUACGCGUCAACAAAGGUACUGGAUUGGGGCGCCCGGCAGGUACGAGCGUCGGCGGCAACGCCGCUCACCUACCCCGGUUCUGAUCCAUCACCUAGCAUAGUGUCGGACCAUCACACUCCCACUCCAUUACUGCACUCGGCGUGGGGAACAGUGGAGACGGCCGUACUACCUGCCCAUGAAGAAUCUCGCGGGGCGACGCUUGACGUACAACGCGUGCUCGGCGUCAACCUUACGCGAGAGCCUCAUUGGCCAGCCGGCGGGUCCCACAAGCAAUCGAGACCAUGCAGCCGGCGGGCCCCCCAGUGACAAGACAAGACUCUUGUGGGCCCCUGGCCAGCCGGGUCCCACACUUGUACGCUUUAUCCAUAUUGUAGGCCGACGGGUUCGUCUAUAAAACCCCCCGGUCACCCUCCAUGCAGGGGGGCCGAUCAUUCACCAGUCAUUCAACACAACACAUUCACCAACCACAGAGAGGGAGGUAGAGAUGAGCCGGCUCCUCCCCUCUUCCUCCUCCCAACACAGCUCUAGGAGCGACAUUGUACUCUAUUCAUACACAUCAAACACUCCGGUAGGANNNNNNNNNNGGGUAUUAUCUCUGCGGAGAGCCCUGAACCUGGGUACAUCGUGCGUCCCAUGCGUGUACCAACCUCGUUCCCAGCGUCCACCUUUGUCCCUUCGGUUCUCACCGACUUUAGCCUACCUAUCGCAUAUGUUGUGAGUAUUCACCGACAAUGGUAUUCUCCUUUGAAUGUUUCAAGUGGCUUGACUUGACGCAUGUUCAUGCAUGUAGUUGAAACAAAAUCAACAUAGCCUCUGUGAUGUUCGUAUUCAUGGUGAUUUAUAUCCUGUUCAUGCUUGCAUUCAAUGGUAGUCAAACUCAUUGCAUCUUGAUGAUUGUUGUCGCUCUCUAGUUGGUCGCUUCCCAGUAUUUUGCUAGCCUUCACUUGUACUAAGCGUGAAUACUGCUUGUGCAUCCACUUCCAUAAACCCAAAAGUUUUCCAUGAGAGUCCACCAUACCUACCUAUUUGCGGUAUCUACCUGCCGUUCCAAGUAAAUUUGCAUGUGCCAUUCUCUAAACCUUCAAGAAAUAAUCUGUUUUGCAUGCCCGAACCGCUCAUGUGGUGAUAGAGGGCUAUUGGUAUCUUCCAUGAUAGGAGUGUUAUCCUCGACAUGUGUUUAUUCACAGUCAUUCAUGAGAAAGGGGCCGGUAUUUGGGAUGCCCAGUUCGACGCUUAAAUCGAAAACAUAACUGUAAAACAAGACUCCCCCCGGAUUGAUGUUAGUAUGGACGGUACCCGAGGAUUCGGCUAGCCAUGGUGUGUGAUUGGUUGGUGGUGGGGGAGUUAAAACUUUACUUUUCUGUUUGGGAACCGCCUAUAGCAUGAGUAGCAUGGAAGAUAUUGAGAACUCUUGGUCAUUGCGUUGACAAUGCAAGCAUGCCACCCAAAAUUAUUAUCUCUGUUUUCAAACCUUGCGCUCUGGCACCUGUGCAAAUCAAUGCUUCCCUCUGCGAAGGGCCUAUCUAUUUAUUUUCCGGUCGAGUCAUCCUCCUUUUAUAUAAGCACCAAUUAGAAAGCACAUCUGUCAUUUUUAUGCUUUGCUUUUGAUUGAUAUUGAGUAUGACUAUGACUGGAUAUUCGUUGCUAUGAAUUACAAUGUUUAGUCAGCCCUUGAUCUUUGAAAGUGCUCUGCAUUUAUGUUUUGCGGUCGCAGAAAGAGCUAGCGAGAUACCACCUAUUCAUAUUGCUUCAUGCUUGUUUUGAUUGAAGUGUUGGUAUUUGAAACACGUUAUUAUUUGCUCGUUAGCUGAUUAUGCCAUUGAUAUUAGUUUACCAUGAGACCAUUGUGUCAUUUGCUUUUGUGGUUAACUUGUGACCUUGCUGAAAUUCUGGUUAUGAAUUAGACAUAGUUGCAACAACAAGAUCAAACAGAGUUUGUCAAAGUUUUUCUUUCUCUCUCAGUUUGUCAACUGAGUUGCUUCAUGACAAGCAAGGUUCUAAGCUUGGGGGAGUUGAUACGUCUCCGUAGUAUCUACUUUUCCAAACUCUUUUGCCCUUGUUUUGGACUCUAAUUUGCGUGAUUUGAAUGGAACUAACCUGGACUGAUGUUGUUUUCAGCAGAAUUGCCUUGGUGUUAUUUUUGUGCAGAAAUCAAAGUUCUCCAAAUGUCCUGAAAAUUUACAGGGAGCAGUUUUGGAAAAUAUCCAAAAUAUCUGCGCCAAGUUCCACCUCAGGGGGUGGGCAAGUGGGCCACAAGCCCUUGCUCCGCCACCACCCCCCUGGUGGUGUGGUGGAGGCUUGUGGGGCCCACACGGCUCUUCCACCCCCAAUCUCAGGUCUAUAAGAUCCCUUUCGUCCCAGAAAAAAUAAAAAGAGAAGUCUUCGUCGCGUUUUCGAUACGGACGCGCCGCCACCGCCUGUUCUUUAUCUGGAGGGAAGAUCUGGAGUCCGUCUUGGACUCCGGAGAGGGGAAAUCGUCGCCAUCGUCAUCAUCAACCUUCUUCUCUCUCCAAUUCCAUGAAGCUCUUCGUCGUUCGUGAGUAAUCUAUUCGUAGGCUCGCUGGGCGGUGAUGAGUAGGAUGAGAUCUAUCAUGUAAUCGAGUUAGUUUUGAUGGGGAUUGCUCCCUAGUAUCCACUAUGUUCUGAGAUUGAUGUUGCUACUACUUUGCCAUGUUUAAUGCUUGUCACUAGGGCCCGAGUGCCAUGAUUUCAGAUCUGAAAUUAUUAUGUUGUCACCAAUAUAUGUGUGUUUUAGAUCCGAUCUUGCAAGUUGUAGUUACAUACUAUGUGUUAUGAUCCGGCAACCCCGGAGUGACAAUAACUGGAACCACUCCCGGUGAUGACCAUAGUUUGAGGAGUUCAUGUGUUCACCAAGUGCUAAUGCGUUGGUCCAGUUCUUUAUUAAAAGGAGAACCUUAAUAUCCCAUAGUUUCCUUUUGGAUCCCGCUGCCACGGGAGGGAUGGACAAUAGAUGUCAUGCAAGUUCUUUUCCCUAAGCAUGUAUGACGACACACGGAAUGCAUGCCUACAUCACAUUGACGAACGGGAGCUAGCCACAUAUCUCUCCAUGUUAUAGCUAUUGCAUGAUGAAUAUCAUCCAAACAAAUCACCGACCCAUUGCCUAUGAGUUUGUCCUACUGCUGCUGUUACUUAUCUUGCACUGCUGUUACUGCUACUAUUGUUGCUACUGCUGUUACUUGUCUUGCUCUGCUGCUACUGUUGCUACUACUGUCGCUUGCUACUGUUGCUACUUGCUAGUGCUGUCACUACUACUGUUCCUUGCCACUACUAUUGCUCGUUACACUGCUGCUACCUGCUACACUGUUGGUUCACCAGCCGUUGACGGGAACUGACAACUUCCGUCAACGAGGCAACGGAGGCGCCAUUGAUACAAUCGUUAGGAAUAGUCUGCCAUCAAAAGAUCGUUUCUGACACCGUUGUUAUCAUACUACUUUGUUGUUACUACUGUGCUUGCAGAUACUAAUCUUUCAGGUGUGGUUGAAUCCGACAAAUUCAGCUGCUAAUNNNNNNNNNNNNNNNNNNNNNNNNNNNNNNNNNNNNNNNNNNNNNNNNNNNNNNNNNNNNNNNNNNNNNNNNNNNNNNNNNNNNNNNNNNNNNNNNNNNNACCCACUUCCUAUGCAUAGGGAUUUUGUGAUCAAACAAUUUAUUGGAGCAAUAAUCAACUAGCAUAGGAAGGCAAAACAAGCAUAGAUUCAAAAAUUCAACACAUGGAGAGGAAGCUUGAUACUAUUGCAAUAAGUAGAAGCANNNNNNNNNNUUUAACGUCCUUAGCUAGGCAUUGAUUUCAAUGAUGCUCACAUAAAAUGUAAGGAUUGAAACACAACGAGAGCAUCAUGGAGCAUGUGGCUAGCACAUUUAAGUCUAACCCACUUCCUAUGCAUAGGGAUUUUGUGAUCAAACAAUUUAUUGGAGAAAGAAUCAACUAGCAUAGGAAGGCAAAACAAGCAUAGCUUCAAAAAUUUCAACACAUGGAGAGGAAGCUUGAUACUAUUGCAAUAAGUAGAAGCAUAUGAUCCUCUCUCAUAGUAAUUUUCAGUAGCAUCAUGAAUGAAUUCAACAAUAUAACCAUCACCCAAGGCUUUCUUUUCAUGAUCUACAAGCAUAGGAAUUUUACUACUCUCCACAUAAGGAAAUCUAUUCUCAAGAAUAGUAGUGGGAGUAUCGUAAAAGACUUGAGCACUACAAAUUGUGUCCACAAUGAAAAAGCAAGGUUUAGCAAAGGGGUUUUCGAAAGUAUGACAAAUUUUAUCAUCCAUCUUCUUCAAAGCAUAAGUAUCCUCACAAUAAUCAUCAUAGAUAGGCGGCAUGCUUUCAUCAAAAUGAUUUUGAUCAUUCAAAGUGGAAGAUCUAAAAAGAUCAUCUUCAUCAAAUAUAGCAUCCCCAAGCUUGUGGCUUUGCAUAUCAUUAGCAUCAUGGGUAUUAAAAGAAUUCAUGCUAAGAACAUUGCAAUCAUGCUCAUCAUUCACAUAUUCUAUGCCAAGCAUUCUAUGUAAUUCUUCUUUAAGCACUUGAGCACAAUUUUCCUUCCCAUCAUGCUCACGAAAGACAUUGAAAAGAUGGAGCAUAUGAGGCAUCCUCAAUUCUAUUUUUUUGUUUUCUAGCGAAAGAACAAGAAACAAAAAGAUUUGAUUGCAAGAUCUAAAGAUAUACCUUCAAGCGCUAACCUCCCCGGCAANNNNNNNNNNGAAAAAUACUUCGUUGACGGGAGGUGAGUGCCGCUUACCUAGCCUCCCUAGCAACGGCGCCAGAAAAAUGCUUGAUGUGUACUACGCAACCUUCUCCUUGUAGACGUUGUUGGGCCUCCAAGUGCAGAGGUUUGUAGAACAAUAGCAAUUUUCCCUCAAGUGGGUGACCUAAGGUUUAUCAAUCCGCGGGAGGCGUAGGAUGAAGAUGGUAUCUCUCAAGCAACCCUGAAACCAAAUAACAAAGAGUCUCUUGUGUCCCCAACACACCAAAUACAAUGGUAAGUUGUAUAGGUGCACUAGUUCGGCGAAGAGAUGUUGAUACAAGUGCAAUACUGAUGGUAGAUAUAGGUUUUUGUAAUCUGAAAUUACAAAAACAACAAGGUAACAAGUAACAAAAGUGAGCACGAACGGUAUUGCAAUGCGUGGAAACAAGGCGUAGGGUUCAUACUUUCACUAGUGAAGUUCUCUCAACAAAGAUAACAUAAAUGGAUCAUAUAACUAGCCCUCAACAUGCAACAAAGAGUCACUCCAAAGUCACUAAUAGCGGAGAACAAACGAAGAGGUUAUUGUCGGGUACGAAACCACNNNNNNNNNNGUCUAUUGUCACCUCAAGUAUCUGUGGGCAUGAUUAUACGAUAUGCAUCACACAAUCUCAGAAUCAUCUAUUCAACCAACACAUAGAACUUCAAAGAGUUCCCCAAAGUUUCUACUGGAGAGUCUAAACGUGUGCCAACCCCUAUGCAUAGGUUCCCAAUGUCACNNNNNNNNNNAUGAGUAUGAUUAUACGAUAUGCAUCACACAAUCUCAGAAUCAUCUAUUCAACCNNNNNNNNNNGUGGGCAUGAUUGUACGAUAUGCAUCACACAGUCUCACAAUCAUCUAUUCAACCAACACAUAGAACUUCAAAGAGUGCCCCAAUGUUUCUACCAGAGAGUCAAAACGUGUGCCAACCCCUAUGCAUAGGUUCCCAAUGUCACGAACCCGCAAGUUGAUCACCAAAACAUACAUCGAGUACUGACAUGAAUCCACGUGUGACAACCCAUAUGAAUAGGUUCCCAAUUGUCACAAACCCGCACGUUGAUCACAACAGAUAGACACGUGCAAGGCAUACAUCAAGUGUUCUCAAAGACUCAAUCCGAUAAGAUAACUUCAAAGGGGAAAUUCAAUUCAUUACAAGAAGGGAGAGGGGGAAGAACAUCAGAAGAUCCAACUAUAGUAGCAAAGCCCACGGUACAUCGAGAUCAAGACAUCUCAAGAACACGAGAGAGAGAGAUCAAACACAUAGCUACCGGUACAUACCCUUAGCCCCGAGGGAGAACUACUCCCUCCUCGUCAUGGAGAUCGCCGGGAUGAUGAAGAUGGCCACCGGAGAUGGAUUCCCCCUCCGACAGGGUGCCGGAACGAGCUCCCGAUUGGUUUUUGGUGGCGACACAGGCUUGCGGCGGCGGAACUCCUGAUCUAGGUUUAUUUUUGGAGGUUUCUGAAUUUAUAGGAAUUUAUGGCGGUGGAAUUGCGUCAGUUGGGCCCACGAGGAGGUCACAAGCCCGCACGGUGCGACCAGGGGGGUAGGCCGCGCUCCAUGGGCUUGUGACUCCCUCGUGGAUCUUCUGGCCUUCGUCCAAAGCUUCGGGGGUCUCUUUUGGUCCAAAAAAAUCAUUGUAAAGUUUCAUUCCAUUUGGGCUCCGUCUAAAAAAGGGUAAAAAACACGGAAAAAACAGAAACUGGCACUUCGCACUGAGUUAAUAGGUUAAUCCCAAAAAAGAUAUAAAAUAGCAUAUUCAUGCAUAUAAAACAUCCAAAGUUUGACAAGGUAAUAGCAUGGAACCAUCAAAAAUUAUAGAUAUGUUGGAGACGUAUCAAGCAUCCCCAAGCUUAACUCGUGCUCGUCCUCGAGUAGGGAAGUGAAAAAGAAUGAAUUUUUGAUGUGGAAUGCUACCUAGCAUAGUUGUCCUUUGCAACUUCUUUCACGUGACAUGAAUGUUCAGAUCCGUAAGAUUCGAAACAAUAGUUUGCUAUUGACAUGAAAACGGUAAUACUUCAAGACAACUAGCAAAGUAAUCAUGAACUUUCAAAAUAACAAGGCCAAAAAAUGUUAUCCCUACAAAAUCAUAUAGUCUGGCUAUGCUCCAUCAUCCUCACACAACUAAUGGAAAUCAUGCACAACCCCGGUAUUGGCCAAGUAAUUGUUUUCGCACUCUNNNNNNNNNNACAAACUUUUUAUAACUAUCACGCAAUACAUGAGCGCGAGCCAUGGAUAUAGCACUAUAGGUAGAAUAGAGUAUGGUGGUGGUUGUGAGACAAAAAGGAGGAGAUGGUCACAUUGGCUCGGUGUAUCAAAAGGCUAUGGAGAUGCCCAUUAAUAGAUAUCAAUGUGAAUGAGUAGGGAUUGCCAUACAAGAGAUGCACUAGAGCUAUAAGUAUGUGAAAGCUCAAAAGGAAAACUAGUGGGUGUGCAUCCAACUUGCUUGCUCACGAAGACCUAGGGCAAUUUUGAGGAAGCCCAUCAUUGGAAUAUGCAAGCCAAGUUAUAUAAUGAAGAUUCCCACUAGCAUAUGGUAGUGACAAAGCAAGAAGCUCUCAAUCAUCAAGAACAAUGUGCUAACAUGAAGCACAAGUGUGGAAAAAUAUAGUAGCAUUGUCCCUUCUCUCUUUUUCUCUUUUUUUUCAUUUGGGCUCUUAGGAAUCUUUUUUUCUUUCCUUUUUUUUCUUUUUGAUUUUGGGCUCUUUGGCCUUUUUUUUAUUUCCUCACAUGGGACAAUGCUCUAAUAAUGAUGAUCAUGACACUUUUAUUUACUCACAGCUCAAAGAUCACAGUGUUGAUGACUCCACAGGAAAUGCCUCUGCCAGUGUACCGGGAUGUGCAACGAUCUAGCAUGGCGUAUGACAUUAAAACAUCUCGCUAGCUAUCUUACGAUCAUGCAAUGGCAAUAUGAGAGUGACGGCACAAGUCAUGAGACGGAACGGUGGGAGUUGCAUGGCAAUACAUCUCGAAUGACUAUGAAAAUGCCAUAGUAGGUAGGUAUGGUGGCUGUUUUGAGGAAGGAAUUUGGUGGGUUUGAAUACCGGCGAGAAUUGCGCGACACUAGAGAGGCUAGCAAUGGUGGAUGGUGAAAGUGCAUGUAUACCGUGGGCUCACAUUAGUCAUGAAGAACUCACAUACUUAUUGCGAAUGUUUUUAUUAGUAAUCAAACACAAAGUGCUAAACGCAUACUCCGAGGGGAAGGGUUGGUAGGUGUAACCCAUCGCGCGAUCCCGACCUCAACACAAAGGAUGACAAUCAAUAGAUCAAUUAUGCUCUGACUUCCUAACGUAGCGGUUCACCAUACGUGCAUGCUACGGGAAUCACUAACUUCAACACAAGUAUUUCUAGAUUCACAACACCUUACUAACGCAACUAUUAAUAUUACCGAAUCCACGUCUCAAAACUAAUUGAGAGGAAUCAAAACUUCUCUUUCUAUUCAAUGCACAUGAAGAUGGAGCUUUUUGUAUCCUCUUUGGGCACCUAUCACAUUUGGUACUACUUUCAUAGCAUAAGCCAACUACCAAGUCACGCACCGCCGUGCUCUGAAGAUAUAAGUGAAGCACAAGAGCAAAAUAAUCUAGCUCAAAAGAUAUAAGUGAAGCACAAGAGCAAAAGUAUCUAGCUCAAAAGAUAUAAGUGAAGCAGAAUGAGCUUUCUAGCAAAAUCACGAUGAGUGCAUGUAUUUCUCUCUCAAAAAGUUGUGCAGCAAGGAUUAUUGUGACCAAACAAAAAGAAAAAACUCCUAAGAUACAAGACGCUCCAAGCAAAACAUAUAUCAUGUGGUGAAUAAAAAUAUAGCUCCAAGAAAUGUUACCGAUGGAUUGAAGACGAAAGAGGGGAUGCCUUCCCGGGGCAUCCCCAAGCUUAGGCUUUUUGGUGUCCUUNNNNNNNNNNNNNNNNNNNNNNNNNNNNNNNNNNNNNNNNNNNNNNNNNNNNNNNNNNNNNNNNNNNNNNNNNNNNNNNNNNNNNNNNNNNNNNNNNNNNNNNNNNNNNNNNNNNNNNNNNNNNNNNNNNNNNNNNNNNNNNNNNNNNNNNNNNNNNNNNNNNNNNNNNNNNNNNNNNNNNNNNNNNNNNNNNNNNNNNNNNNNNNNNNNNNNNNNNNNNNNNNNNGAAAUGAACUACCACUUGUUUUGGUACUGUAGCAAACUUGAAUUCUAUCUAUAUUGAUGAUGGGCUACUGUAUUCUCACUUUUCCAUGGCUAGUACCCCCUGAUACUAACCAUAGUUUCAUCAAAACAAGCAACCAACUCAACAAAAACAGAAUCUGUCAAAAACAGACCAGUCUGUAGUAAUCUGUAUACUUNNNNNNNNNNNNNNNNNNNNNNNNNNNNNNNNNNNNNNNNNNNNNNNNNNNNNNNNNNNNNNNNNNNNNNNNNNNNNNNNNNNNNNNNNNNNNNNNNNNNCUUUUAUAUGUUUUAUUCACAAUUAUUCAUUGGACUACAAAAGUGUUGGAAAUGCUUUUUUUUUUGUGAGUAGAAAUGCUACUUAAUUGGGUGUCCAAGCAAGGUAAGACUUUGUUUUAAUCCAUAGCUAAAGUUUUAGAAUCCUCUGUUGUCCAUUUUGCUCUGUCCAUGUCGUCCCCAGUGAACUCAUAAAUUAUGUUUGGUGAGUCCAUCAUGAUUUUGUAUCAUCGUUGAAUCUAGCCCACAAAAAAGGAAGGGGCCAUUAGCUCCCAUCCGACGUCGUUGAGUUGAAUUAUCUCUCAUGCGACGUCGUUGGUUGUAAUGGCUCUCAUGCGACAUCUUCCAGCGCAGAAAUAGCUUAAGCAACUCAACCCGUUUACGGGGCUGGCUGGCUGUUAGUUAGGCUGAGAUUUGGUUAGGAAUGUGCUUUGACUGGUGGGGUCCACCUACGGCCACGUCGUCAAGAGUCAACCGUCCACUACUCGAUCGGUGACUGUCUGACCAUACUCGACUCGAUCGUGCACGACUGGGCGAGCAGCGCCGCCGUGUGCAUCUUCUCCGGCAGNNNNNNNNNNCGAAUGUGUUCUGACUGGCGGGGUCCACCUAUGGCCACGUCGUCAAGAGUCAACCGUCCACUACUCGAUCGGUGACUGUGUGACCAUACUCGACCCGACCGUGCACGACUGGGCGAGCAGCGCCGCCGUGUGCAUCUUCUCCGGCAGAGGUAGCAGUUUCUUCUCCGCGGUGGUGGAGCGCCUUUCUCGGCAGCGGCAGAGCUAUUGCGAGUGAGUAUUUUCGAAACCCUAGUCCCAUUCCCCAGAUUUUUGGAUAGAUCUGUGGCCUCAUGCUCUGUUUCUUGACGAUUUAGAAUCUCGAUUGGAUAGGAGCGCGUGGGCUGAAUUAGAUGGAGCGAGGAGACAGUGCUUCAAAUCGGUAAUGCCGCCCCUCCCUCUUUUCUCUUUUAGCUGUUAUCAAACUCGAUUUGAUAGUGACCGUCUUACACUGCCGCUGCCCGCCAUUGACAAAACAGGGGAGGUUCUGGUUCUACCACCAUAUUCGCAAUUAUAGUGCAUUUUUUCCCUGUAAAGCCAAGCUUAGUGAUGGCAGUGUCCAAGACAUUUAUAGAGAUACCUCCGUGAGGUUGGAUGUCGAAGUGCAGAUGUUGAUCCCCAGGACUUAGAGGGCAUGAAGGAGAAGGCCGUGGGAAAUUUGGUGGAGAGAAUUGGGGAGAGUAUUGUUUGGGGUCCAGAACAAGAGAUAUCUCUGCAACGUUUCGACAACUAUUAUGGUGAAUAUGUUAGAAUUGAAGAUGGAGAAUCCAUGGUUGCUGAAAUUGAUCAGCAAGAACGGUGGGCAUGCAAACAAGUAACAUUUUAUGCAGAGCUAAUUGAUCUGCAAACUAAUUCCAGAGUUGAUUAUGUGCCAUCAAAGAUGGCUGCACAGUUGGAAGAUGAUGUGUGGGUUUCACAAAAGAAUAGUAUGUUGGCAUUGUUGACUGAACCGACUGUACUAGAUGAUGAUACAGAUAUUGAUGCAGAUGGAGAGGAGGGAACCCAUGGUGCUAGGAAGAUUGUUGUUGACUGGAAUGUAGUAGAGUUCAAUGAAAAAACAGAUUUGUUCAUUGCACCAAUAUGUGACAUUGAUAUGGCUGAAAUGUUUGGCAUUCAAGUUGAUGACAAAGAUAAGGAGAAGGAUGACAAUUCUUUGCCCGCUGAUGGUAACACGGGCCUAGAAAUGCAAAUGAGGAUGAACAAGAGCUGAUGAGAAUGGUUGCAGAUGAUGUGGAUGAUACAAAUGAUAAUGAGCUAGUUUGUUUGUAUGACAAAGAGAACCCAGUUAUUGAGGUGGGAAAGUUGUGGCCAAGCAUNNNNNNNNNNNNNNNNNNNNNNNNNNNNNNNNNNNNNNNNNNNNNNNNNNNNNNNNNNNNNNNNNNNNNNNNNNNNNNNNNNNNNNNNNNNNNNNNNNNNUUGUUUUGUGAAGUUUUCAAGUUUUGGGUGAUGUUCUCAUGGACAAAGAGAUAAGGAGUGGAAAUAGCUCAAGCUUGGGGAUGCCCAAGGCAUCCCAAGCCAAAUUCAAGGACACCAAAAAGCCUAAGCUUGGGGAUGCCCCGGGAAGGCAUCCCAUCUUUCGUCUUCAAUCCAUCGGUAACAUUACUUGGAGCUAUAUUUUUAUUCACCACGUGAUAUGUGUUUUGCUUGGAUCGUCUUGUAUCUUAGGAGUCUUUUCGUUUUGUUGUGUCACAAUCAUCCUUGCUCCACACCUUUUUGAUAGAGAGAGAGACAUGCACUCAUCGUGAUUUUUCUAGAAUGCUCAUAGUGCUUCACUUAUAUCUUUUGAGCUAGAUACUUUUGCUCUAGUGCUUCACUUAUAUCUUUUAGAGCACGGCGGUGCGUGAUUUGGUAGUUGACUUAUGCUAUGAAAGUAGUCCCAAAUGUGAUAAGUACCCAAAGAGGAUGCAAAAACCUCCAUUUUCAUGUGCAUUGAGUAGAAAGAGAAGUUUUGAUUCCUCCAAUUAGUUUUGAGACGUGGAUUUGGUAAUAUUAAGAGCUAUGUUAGUAGGGUGUUGUGAAUCUAGAAAUACUUGUGUUGAAGUUAGUGAUUCCUGUAGCAUGCACGUAUGGUGACCGCUAUGUUAGGAAAUCGGAGCAUAAUUGAUCUAUUGAUUGUCAUCCUUUGUGUUGAGGUCGGGAUCGCGCGAUGGUUAACACCUACCAACCCUUCCCCUCAGAGUAUGCGUUUAGCACUUUGUUUCGGUUACUUAUAAAAACUUUCGCAACAAGUAUGUGAGUUAUUCAUGACUAAUGUGAGUCCAUGGUAUAGAUGAACUUUCACCUUCCACCAUUACUAGUCUCUUUAGUGCCGCGCAAUUCUCGCCGGUGCACAAACCCACCAUAUGCCUUCCUCAAAACAGCCACCAUACCUACCCACUAUGGCAUUUUCAUAGCCAUUCCGAGAUAUAUUGCCAUGCAACUCCCACCGUUCCGUCUCAUGACUUCUGCCGUCACUCUCAUAUUUCCAUUGCAUGAUCGUAAGAUAGCUAGCGAGAUGUUUCAACGGCAUACGCCAUCUAGAUCGUUGCACAUCCCGGUACACUGCCGGACGCAUUUCCUAUAGGGUCGUCAUCAUUGAGCUAUGAGUAAAUUAAAGUGUGAUGAUCAUCAUUAUUAGAGAAUUGUCCCGUGUGAGGAAAUAAAAAAAGAGUCCAAAGAGCCCAAAAACAAAAAAAGGAGAAAAGAAAAAAAGGCCUAAGAGCCCAAAUGAAAAAAAGAGAAAAGAGAGAAAAAGAGAGAAGGGAUAAUGCUACUAUCCUUUUCCACACUUGUGCUUCAUAAUAGCACCAUAUUCUUCAUGAUUGAGAGCUUCUUGCUUUGUCACUACCAUAUGCUAGUGGGAAUUUUCAUUAUAUAACUUGGUUUGUAUAUUCCAAUGAUGGGCUUCCUCAAAAUUGCCCUAUGUCUUCGUGAGCAAGCAAGUUGGAUGCACACCCACUAGUUCUCCUUUUGAGCUUUCACAUACUUAUAGCUCUAGUGCAUCUCUUGUAUGGCAAUCCCUACUCAUUCACAUUGAUAUCUAUUAAUGGGCAUCGCCAUAACCCUUUGAUACGCCGAGUCAAUGUGACUAUCUCCUCCCUUUUUGUCUCACAACCACCACCACACUCUAUUCCACCUAUAGUGCUAUAUCCAUGGCUCACGCUCAUGUGUUGCGUGACUGUUAUAAAAAGUUUGAGAAAGUAAGAGUGCGAAAACAAUUACUUGGCCAAUACCGGGGUUGUGCAUGAUUUACAUUAGUUGUGUGAGGAUGAUGGAGCAUAGCGAGUGAUGGGGUUAUAGUCCCAGGGUAGGGUCAUAGGUCUGCCCUAUAGGUCCUACCCAAGGACUACCCUUCAUAGGGGAGAAGGCCCUUAGACAGUUCCAACUGAACUAAGGACGCCCCCAUCAUCCAGUCGGCGACGAUCCACUCGGAGCAUAUCUAACGUACCGACUGGAAUCCACUCUGUACAUCCACUACAGGAAUCACCUUCUUUGGCAUCUGCCAUCACGGACGGCAAAGACAAAUACCCGGACGGCAAAGAACAUACCACAGACGGCAAAGAUUGUCACGGCUGGCAAAUUUUCUGCGUCAGCCUACGAUGGCAUAGGACAUUCUUUGCCGUCUGCCCCCCCCCCCAAAGCGGACGGCAAAGCUCUUUGCCGUCAGCUUCCUUGAGGAGCAGUCGGCAAAGAGCUUGAGACGGCAGCCGAGAGGCGUUGCCUCCGUUAGGGGUUAACGGAGGCUCUUUGCCGUCUGCCUGCUGGUCAAUCUUUGCCGUCUGCCGUGUCCUCCCCUCCCCCUCUCUCCACUCCUGCCCCUCCUCUGUGCCCUCUUCUUUGCCGUCUGCCCCCCCAGCAGGCAGACGGCAAAGAGCCUAUAUGGCCAGCUGCUACUGCCCAGGAAGCACAGCUGGUUGCCAUGUGGCACCUUUGCCGUCUGCUGGCUGAUGGCAAAGGCCUUUGCCAUCAGCCAGCAGACGGCAAAGAGCCCAUAUUGUCACUGUUCGCAAUAAUAUAUAUAAUUCAUAGCACAUAUAUGAUAUAUAGUUCACAACACAUAUAUGAUAUACAUAUAAAGUUAACCAAUGUCAUUUGUUCAUCAAUGGACAUCCAUAUAUCAAAAGAAACCAACAUAUACAAAGUUUCAUCCAUAUAUAUAUACAUAUAGUUCCACAUAUAUUGUUCAUCAACACAUUGUUCAUCAACACAUACANNNNNNNNNNNNNNNNNNNNNNNNNNNNNNNNNNNNNNNNNNNNNNNNNNNNNNNNNNNNNNNNNNNNNNNNNNNNNNNNNNNNNNNNNNNNNNNNNNNNNNNNNNNNNNNNNNNNNNNNNNNNNNNNNNNNNNNNNNNNNNNNNNNNNNNNNNNNNNNNNNNNNNNNNNNNNNNNNNNNNNNNNNNNNNNNNNNNNNNNNNNNNNNNNNNNNNNNNNNNNNNNNNNNNNNNNNNNNNNNNNNNNNNNNNNNNNNNNNNNNNNNNNNNNNNNNNNNNNNNNNNNNNNNNNNNNNNNNNNNNNNNNNNNNNNNNNNNNNNNNNNNNNNNNNNNNNNNNNNNNNNNNNNNNNNNNNNNNNNNNNNNNNNNNNNNNNNNNNNNNNNNNNNNNNNNNNNNNNNNNNNNNNNNNNNNNNNNNNNNNNNNNNNNNNNNNNNNNNNNNNNNNNNNNNNNNNNNNNNNNNNNNNNNNNNNNNNNNNNNNNNNNNNNNNNNNNNNNNNNNNNNNNNNNNNNNNNNNNNNNNNNNNNNNNNNNNNNNNNNNNNNNNNNNNNNNNNNNNNNNNNNNNNNNNNNNNNNNNNNNNNNNNNNNNNNNNNNNNNNNNNNNNNNNNNNNNNNNNNNNNNNNNNNNNNNNNNNNNNNNNNNNNNNNNNNNNNNNNNNNNNNNNNNNNNNNNNNNNNNNNNNNNNNNNNNNNNNNNNNNNNNNNNNNNNNNNNNNNNNNNNNNNNNNNNNNNNNNNNNNNNNNNNNNNNNNNNNNNNNNNNNNNNNNNNNNNNNNNNNNNNNNNNNNNNNNNNNNNNNNNNNNNNNNNNNNNNNNNNNNNNNNNNNNNNNNNNNNNNNNNNNNNNNNNNNNNNNNNNNNNNNNNNNNNNNNNNNNNNNNNNNNNNNNNNNNNNNNNNNNNNNNNNNNNNNNNNNNNNNNNNNNNNNNNNNNNNNNNNNNNNNNNNNNNNNNNNNNNNNNNNNNNNNNNNNNNNNNNNNNNNNNNNNNNNNNNNNNNNNNNNNNNNNNNNNNNNNNNNNNNNNNNNNNNNNNNNNNNNNNNNNNNNNNNNNNNNNNNNNNNNNNNNNNNNNNNNNNNNNNNNNNNNNNNNNNNNNNNNNNNNNNNNNNNNNNNNNNNNNNNNNNNNNNNNNNNNNNNNNNNNNNNNNNNNNNNNNNNNNNNNNNNNNNNNNNNNNNNNNNNNNNNNNNNNNNNNNNNNNNNNNNNNNNNNNNNNNNNNNNNNNNNNNNNNNNNNNNNNNNNNNNNNNNNNNNNNNNNNNNNNNNNNNNNNNNNNNNNNNNNNNNNNNNNNNNNNNNNNNNNNNNNNNNNNNNNNNNNNNNNNNNNNNNNNNNNNNNNNNNNNNNNNNNNNNNNNNNNNNNNNNNNNNNNNNNNNNNNNNNNNNNNNNNNNNNNNNNNNNNNNNNNNNNNNNNNNNNNNNNNNNNNNNNNNNNNNNNNNNNNNNNNNNNNNNNNNNNNNNNNNNNNNNNNNNNNNNNNNNNNNNNNNNNNNNNNNNNNNNNNNNNNNNNNNNNNNNNNNNNNNNNNNNNNNNNNNNNNNNNNNNNNNNNNNNNNNNNNNNNNNNNNNNNNNNNNNNNNNNNNNNNNNNNNNNNNNNNNNNNNNNNNNNNNNNNNNNNNNNNNNNNNNNNNNNNNNNNNNNNNNNNNNNNNNNNNNNNNNNNNNNNNNNNNNNNNNNNNNNNNNNNNNNNNNNNNNNNNNNNNNNNNNNNNNNNNNNNNNNNNNNNNNNNNNNNNNNNNNNNNNNNNNNNNNNNNNNNNNNNNNNNNNNNNNNNNNNNNNNNNNNNNNNNNNNNNNNNNNNNNNNNNNNNNNNNNNNNNNNNNNNNNNNNNNNNNNNNNNNNNNNNNNNNNNNNNNNNNNNNNNNNNNNNNNNNNNNNNNNNNNNNNNNNNNNNNNNNNNNNNGAAGAAGAAAGAGGAGGAGCUUAUUAUGGCAUAUUUUCUAAUGUUUAUAAUCUUCAAGUGCAUUGCAUUCAUCUUGAUCUUGUGAUCGUCACGCACCUCGGCAACAUCCAACUCCAAUAUCAUCUUCUCCUCAUCAAGGCUUUUACGGACCUUCGACAACUUAUAUAUAAGCUAAUAAUAGAUCUUUUGCGUCUUUCGAUAUGCGAAGAGAAGUAAGAAGGUUUACUAUUGGGAUAACGAAGAUAUGACCAUAUUUCUGAUCAAUUCAACAGACGAGAUCGGAUAGUAGAAUAGAGAGAAGGAUCUUCUACUUUCUGAAAAUGAUAGAGAGUCAGGAGAGGGUCUAUGUUAAUAGUGCUCUUUAGAUAGGGAGAGGAAAGACGUAACUAGACCGUGAAAAUAAUAUAAUCUUUUACCGCUACAUCUGCUGGAGAAGAAAACUCAGCAAAGGAUAUUCCUAUCCUUUCUCUAGUUGAAGACUAAUCUGGAUAUUCCCUAACAUGCUUCACUCAAACGUCAAAAAUUCCUUCCAUGAAUCUAGGGACGGAAAACAACCUGUGACUUCGCCAAGUCUCCCUUUCUUUGGUCGAAGGCCUCGUCAAGAUCCUUCUAAACUAAUUGCUUUCGCUUGACUCUUCCAGGAGAAAAGUAUAAUAAGUGGUUGAAGGAAAGCUAAGUUUGGAGGAGAAACUUACCGUAGUGGUCAUCAAGGAGGAGAAACACCACGGUUGCUCGCGCCGGCUUCGUUUGGAGACGGUUGCCCUGGAGAAGGGUCGUGCGAUGCCGCUCGGGAGUUAUUCUGCAGAAAAGAUAUUUUGCAAUGUCUCAGUUAGCAUGAUGACACUCAAUUAUUAAUACUAGUUUAUAAUGAAACUCACCGUGCCAAUCGAAGAGAAGACGGGCAUCGGCGGAGGGACUUGACCGCUCUUCUCGCACAGACCCUGAAGAGUGGGUCGUAUUAGUUAGUAUUGAAACAGACAUUACACACAUGAUUUGGCUAAUGUGAAAAAAAACAUACCACAAAAAGCUCGUACAGGGCCCGUUGACCCGCCUCAUUCCGGGCCCUCUCCUCCUCAAGCAAUCGUGCCGUGCUCUGGUCCCUCUCAUCAAGAGCAGCCUGAAGAGCAGCAUGGCUUGCCAAUCUCUCUUUCUCAAGAGCAGCCUGGUUUGCCGCUCUCUCUUUCUGAAGAGCAGCCUGAAAAACCAUUCCUCGUUACCACAGUAAUGAUCUAUGGUGACACACAUAAUGAAAUGGAUGAAAGUGUUCUUAGUCCGUACAACUAACCUCGAUGGCAAGUUCGACUGGCCGUGGACGACGCGUUAUCUCAGGACAGUUGCUCGACUGGCGCGCCUUGAUCUCCGGAAGAGUGAGUGGACAACGUAUUAUCCCAUAUCCAAUGGCUAUCGAGCCAUGGGGCCUCCCGCCACCAGAUAUCAUCACCAGCUCUGGAUCCAAAGGUUCCUGGCUAGGGUUAAAGUCAUCCCCUUUCGUAGCCUUCCCCGCGUCCCUGUAUGCCAUGAGCAUCUGGUGGGAUGAUAUGUUGGUGAAGUUACUGGGAUCAUCCAGGUUAGACUCAGAGAAUGCCUUCGCCUUCUUGUACGAGGCAGUAUGGGCCAUGCCAUAAAUGUCGUACAAGUGUGGCAUCUCAGUCUUAUUGUCAUGCGCCUAAAAGAGAGGAACAAAAUAUUAGCAUAAGAAUGAAUUGCAUGAAUCAUGAAGCAAAUCACAUACCCAGUUUCGUCCAAACUGAUGUAAGUUGGCGCUGCCUUGAUGGUGUGGCACACCAACCAUUUGGCUACGCCGAUCCUUUGCAUUAUCGUGGACGGCUCGCCAGCUGCCUGUGCACCACUCAUCAACCAACGCCUCCCAACAAUCCAUCCUAUCCGCACACCAUCUCGGGGGCACCUGUAAGUUAUUAGAAAGAAUUUUCAGAGCUACGCCUAUGAAUGAAAUGAAGAAAAAUACGUAGAAGGACUUAAGAAUAGGUAAUUACCUUCAUGUAUUGCUCCUUCUUCAGAAACUUUCCGCGGCAAUCCUUCUUCUCCUUCUUAAUACCACGCGUGGCGUAGUAAUCUCGAAUAGCCUGCGGCCGAGCCUCGUGGCGCAAGUUCUGUAGUAAUCGCCUACACUCGACCUCGAGAACCCUGGCCGCCGCCUCCUCAUAUCCAUCCUCACACCUAUAGAAGGUCUGCAAUCAAACGUGAAAACACCGAUUAGUACAAUAAUGAGGUAUAUGCUUAAUUUUACAUUCUGUAAAAGGAUAAUUUACCCAAAAGCUCCUGAUCACCAUCUCGGCCCUCGUGUGGCACAAGACACCAUCUAUAAUCUCCUCCGGCGGGGCCUGCGCAGCCUGGUAGUGCUCCCAGGUAAAUCCUAGUGUAGGAACCUGACCCUCACCAGGCAACGUGACAAACCCCGGGAAAUUUGUCCGGCAAAGCACACCAAGGAAGGAGUUCGGCCUGCGGACUCCAAGAGGGUGUACCCAUCCCCUGCAGUAUGAUAAGGUGAGCGCAUUAGAUAUUUGAAGAAACUUGAAGGCAAAAGCUAAAAAAAGGGUAAAUGUACUUACCUAUCUCCUUCAGGUUUUAUCACCGGCCUCUGCUCGCGGGUAGCCGGGGCGACCGGGAGACGUGUACUACCACGCUUGUACACGGUAGCCGGGGCCCCGUCCACCUGCACAUCGCCCUCGCUAUCCGUAAGCUCAUCCCUGCCAUCCCCGCACCCUGAGCCACCCGGACCCUCGGUCCAAUCCGGCAACUCGGUACGAUCCGGCCAAGGCUCCCAUCCGGACCUCUCCACGUCGGGUGAAGCCUCCGGAACCGUAGUCUCCUCCGGCUGCUCCUGGGCCGAAUGCACCUCGACCCGAGGCUGCUCCUGGACCGGAGUCUCAUGGGACGACUGCCCGUGAACACCAGGCUCCUGGACCGGAGUCCCCGUAGCCUCCUCCGCAAACGGGUCGACCAUACUAGUCCUAUGCUCGGGUGAAUGAGCUGGUGGUGGUGGCGAGGACGGCUCAACAGUCCUCCUGGAUCUUCCGCGGCCACCACCUCUCCCUGUACACUUCCCCUUCUUCCCUACCCGACCAGCACCUCUACCAGCGGGCAAUGCCGCCGACGAAGAAGAACCCCCGGCUGGUGUCGAAAGACUGUCUGCCAAGGCUCUACGGAGAGAUAGGGGUGGAAGGGAAGUACCACCCCUCGUGCGGGGCGCCUGGGAAGAACCCGUCGAGCGCUCUGGACCCGCGCCCACCAUCUUUCAACACCUGCCAUGAUAAAGAUUAAAAGAAAUUAGUACAACAUAAAAAAAUUGAAUGACUGACAUGAAUAAUAAUACGUACAUGAAUAAUAAAUAUUAAAAUAUAUAGAUAUUAUCUUCUGUUGCCCGGCUCUCCAAGGAUUGCCGGAACCCUAGCCUCCGCCGCACCUAACCCUAGCCGCGACGGCGCCAUCUCACCGGCGCAUCCGCUCCAGCCCUCGCUCCCCUCCUGUCUGCCCUUACAACCUACGCCGGAGGCCCGGUAGGAACCCUAGUCCUACCAAUUUGGUAUCCAGAGAUUCCAGGCUGAUCAUGUCGCUCCCUCCACCACCGCCGCCGCUCAACACCACCACCGCCCCACUGCCGCAAACCACCACCACCGCCCCGCUGGGACCCAACCCCCGCCNNNNNNNNNNNNNNNNNNNNNNNNNNNNNNNNNNNNNNNNNNNNNNNNNNNNNNNNNNNNNNNNNNNNNNNNNNNNNNNNNNNNNNNNNNNNNNNNNNNNNNNNNNNNNNNNNNNNNNNNNNNNNNNNNNNNNNNNNNNNNNNNNNNNNNNNNNNNNNNNNNNNNNNNNNNNNNNNNNNNNNNNNNNNNNNNNNNNNNNNNNNNNNNNNNNNNNNNNNNNNNNNNNNNNNNNNNNNNNNNNNNNNNNNNNNNNNNNNNNNNNNNNNNNNNNNNNNNNNNNNNNNNNNNNNNNNNNNNNNNNNNNNNNNNNNNNNNNNNNNNNNNNNNNNNNNNNNNNNNNNNNNNNNNNNNNNNNNNNNNNNNNNNNNNNNNNNNNNNNNNNNNNNNNNNNNNNNNNNNNNNNNNNNNNNNNNNNNNNNNNNNNNNNNNNNNNNNNNNNNNNNNNNNNNNNNNNNNNNNNNNNNNNNNNNNNNNNNNNNNNNNNNNNNNNNNNNNNNNNNNNNNNNNNNNNNNNNNNNNNNNNNNNNNNNNNNNNNNNNNNNNNNNNNNNNNNNNNNNNNNNNNNNNNNNNNNNNNNNNNNNNNNNNNNNNNNNNNNNNNNNNNNNNNNNNNNNNNNNNNNNNNNNNNNNNNNNNNNNNNNNNNNNNNNNNNNNNNNNNNNNNNNNNNNNNNNNNNNNNNNNNNNNNNNNNNNNNNNNNNNNNNNNNNNNNNNNNNNNNNNNNNNNNNNNNNNNNNNNNNNNNNNNNNNNNNNNNNNNNNNNNNNNNNNNNNNNNNNNNNNNNNNNNNNNNNNNNNNNNNNNNNNNNNNNNNNNNNNNNNNNNNNNNNNNNNNNNNNNNNNNNNNNNNNNNNNNNNNNNNNNNNNNNNNNNNNNNNNNNNNNNNNNNNNNNNNNNNNNNNNNNNNNNNNNNNNNNNNNNNNNNNNNNNNNNNNNNNNNNNNNNNNNNNNNNNNNNNNNNNNNNNNNNNNNNNNNNNNNNNNNNNNNNNNNNNNNNNNNNNNNNNNNNNNNNNNNNNNNNNNNNNNNNNNNNNNNNNNNNNNNNNNNNNNNNNNNNNNNNNNNNNNNNNNNNNNNNNNNNNNNNNNNNNNNNNNNNNNNNNNNNNNNNNNNNNNNNNNNNNNNNNNNNNNNNNNNNNNNNNNNNNNNNNNNNNNNNNNNNNNNNNNNNNNNNNNNNNNNNNNNNNNNNNNNNNNNNNNNNNNNNNNNNNNNNNNNNNNNNNNNNNNNNNNNNNNNNNNNNNNNNNNNNNNNNNNNNNNNNNNNNNNNNNNNNNNNNNNNNNNNNNNNNNNNNNNNNNNNNNNNNNNNNNNNNNNNNNNNNNNNNNNNNNNNNNNNNNNNNNNNNNNNNNNNNNNNNNNNNNNNNNNNNNNNNNNNNNNNNNNNNNNNNNNNNNNNNNNNNNNNNNNNNNNNNNNNNNNNNNNNNNNNNNNNNNNNNNNNNNNNNNNNNNNNNNNNNNNNNNNNNNNNNNNNNNNNNNNNNNNNNNNNNNNNNNNNNNNNNNNNNNNNNNNNNNNNNNNNNNNNNNNNNNNNNNNNNNNNNNNNNNNNNNNNNNNNNNNNNNNNNNNNNNNNNNNNNNNNNNNNNNNNNNNNNNNNNNNNNNNNNNNNNNNNNNNNNNNNNNNNNNNNNNNNNNNNNNNNNNNNNNNNNNNNNNNNNNNNNNNNNNNNNNNNNNNNNNNNNNNNNNNNNNNNNNNNNNNNNNNNNNNNNNNNNNNNNNNNNNNNNNNNNNNNNNNNNNNNNNNNNNNNNNNNNNNNNNNNNNNNNNNNNNNNNNNNNNNNNNNNNNNNNNNNNNNNNNNNNNNNNNNNNNNNNNNNNNNNNNNNNNNNNNNNNNNNNNNNNNNNNNNNNNNNNNNNNNNNNNNNNNNNNNNNNNNNNNNNNNNNNNNNNNNNNNNNNNNNNNNNNNNNNNNNNNNNNNNNNNNNNNNNNNNNNNNNNNNNNNNNNNNNNNNNNNNNNNNNNNNNNNNNNNNNNNNNNNNNNNNNNNNNNNNNNNNNNNNNNNNNNNNNNNNNNNNNNNNNNNNNNNNNNNNNNNNNNNNNNNNNNNNNNNNNNNNNNNNNNNNNNNNNNNNNNNNNNNNNNNNNNNNNNNNNNNNNNNNNNNNNNNNNNNNNNNNNNNNNNNNNNNNNNNNNNNNNNNNNNNNNNNNNNNNNNNNNNNNNNNNNNNNNNNNNNNNNNNNNNNNNNNNNNNNNNNNNNNNNNNNNNNNNNNNNNNNNNNNNNNNNNNNNNNNNNNNNNNNNNNNNNNNNNNNNNNNNNNNNNNNNNNNNNNNNNNNNNNNNNNNNNNNNNNNNNNNNNNNNNNNNNNNNNNNNNNNNNNNNNNNNNNNNNNNNNNNNNNNNNNNNNNNNNNNNNNNNNNNNNNNNNNNNNNNNNNNNNNNNNNNNNNNNNNNNNNNNNNNNNNNNNNNNNNNNNNNNNNNNNNNNNNNNNNNNNNNNNNNNNNNNNNNNNNNNNNNNNNNNNNNNNNNNNNNNNNNNNNNNNNNNNNNNNNNNNNNNNNNNNNNNNNNNNNNNNNNNNNNNNNNNNNNNNNNNNNNNNNNNNNNNNNNNNNNNNNNNNNNNNNNNNNNNNNNNNNNNNNNNNNNNNNNNNNNNNNNNNNNNNNNNNNNNNNNNNNNNNNNNNNNNNNNNNNNNNNNNNNNNNNNNNNNNNNNNNNNNNNNNNNNNNNNNNNNNNNNNNNNNNNNNNNNNNNNNNNNNNNNNNNNNNNNNNNNNNNNNNNNNNNNNNNNNNNNNNNNNNNNNNNNNNNNNNNNNNNNNNNNNNNNNNNNNNNNNNNNNNNNNNNNNNNNNNNNNNNNNNNNNNNNNNNNNNNNNNNNNNNNNNNNNNNNNNNNNNNNNNNNNNNNNNNNNNNNNNNNNNNNNNNNNNNNNNNNNNNNNNNNNNNNNNNNNNNNNNNNNNNNNNNNNNNNNNNNNNNNNNNNNNNNNNNNNNNNNNNNNNNNNNNNNNNNNNNNNNNNNNNNNNNNNNNNNNNNNNNNNNNNNNNNNNNNNNNNNNNNNNNNNNNNNNNNNNNNNNNNNNNNNNNNNNNNNNNNNNNNNNNNNNNNNNNNNNNNNNNNNNNNNNNNNNNNNNNNNNNNNNNNNNNNNNNNNNNNNNNNNNNNNNNNNNNNNNNNNNNNNNNNNNNNNNNNNNNNNNNNNNNNNNNNNNNNNNNNNNNNNNNNNNNNNNNNNNNNNNNNNNNNNNNNNNNNNNNNNNNNNNNNNNNNNNNNNNNNNNNNNNNNNNNNNNNNNNNNNNNNNNNNNNNNNNNNNNNNNNNNNNNNNNNNNNNNNNNNNNNNNNNNNNNNNNNNNNNNNNNNNNNNNNNNNNNNNNNNNNNNNNNNNNNNNNNNNNNNNNNNNNNNNNNNNNNNNNNNNNNNNNNNNNNNNNNNNNNNNNNNNNNNNNNNNNNNNNNNNNNNNNNNNNNNNNNNNNNNNNNNNNNNNNNNNNNNNNNNNNNNNNNNNNNNNNNNNNNNNNNNNNNNNNNNNNNNNNNNNNNNNNNNNNNNNNNNNNNNNNNNNNNNNNNNNNNNNNNNNNNNNNNNNNNNNNNNNNNNNNNNNNNNNNNNNNNNNNNNNNNNNNNNNNNNNNNNNNNNNNNNNNNNNNNNNNNNNNNNNNNNNNNNNNNNNNNNNNNNNNNNNNNNNNNNNNNNNNNNNNNNNNNNNNNNNNNNNNNNNNNNNNNNNNNNNNNNNNNNNNNNNNNNNNNNNNNUCAGAGAUGUGUAUAAGGGACAGGGGCACUCCCUGGCCGGUGUGGCCGGCCACCACCGCGCCGCUGGGGGGGCUGCCCCAACAGUCGCUACCGGCCACCACGGCGCAGGCGUCGGGGGUCGGGGUAGGGGGUCGGGGGUCGAGGGUGAGUGUUGUCGGGGGUCGGGGGUCGGGGGUCGAGGUUACCUAUAAAACUUUCUAUGUUACCCAUAAAACUUUCUAGGUUACCUAUAAAACUUUCUAUGUUACCUAUAAAACUUUCCAGGUUACCUAUACUACUUUAUAAAACUUUCUAGGUUCCAUAAAAAAAUAUUUCAUGCCGGGGUGUCGUCGAGAUGUCGUGUCGGGGCGUCGUGUCGGGGUUUCGGGGCAUCGUGUCGGGUGUCAGGGGUGUCGUCGAGAUGUCGUGUCGGGGCGUCGUGUCGGGGUUUCGGGGCAUCGUGACGGGUGUCAGGGGUGUCGUCGAGAUGUCGUGUCGGUGCGACAACUACUAUUGCGAGCUGUUGUAAUAUCCUCAACGUUGUGGCUAGUGCAAGCAUAGGCGGCGACCGGAGGGCUCUACACGGUCAACUACAAACCUAACAACUAACCUAACACACAGUAGGUAAUUAACAACUAACCUAACAACUAACCUAGCUCGAGGGGUAAUACCACUAACAACUAACCUAAUUACCACUAACAACUAACAAGUAACCUAACUAACCUAAUUACCAGUACGUAACCACUAACAACUAACCUAACUAACCUAACUAACAAUAGGUAAUUAACAACUAACCUAACUAACCUAAUUAAUGAAUUAAACGAAAAAAGGAAAAAAGGACUCACCGAGGAGGAGGAGGGCCGCAGGAGGGGGGGGCGCAGGGCGGCGGUGGGGUGUGUAGGUGGGGAGGNNNNNNNNNNNNNNNNNNNNNNNNNNNNNNNNNNNNNNNNNNNNNNNNNNNNNNNNNNNNNNNNNNNNNNNNNNNNNNNNNNNNNNNNNNNNNNNNNNNNNNNNNNNNNNNNNNNNNNNNNNNNNNNNNNNNNNNNNNNNNNNNNNNNNNNNNNNNNNNNNNNNNNNNNNNNNNNNNNNNNNNNNNNNNNNNNNNNNNNNNNNNNNNNNNNNNNNNNNNNNNNNNNNNNNNNNNNNNNNNNNNNNNNNNNNNNNNNNNNNNNNNNNNNNNNNNNNNNNNNNNNNNNNNNNNNNNNNNNNNNNNNNNNNNNNNNGGCGCAGGGCGUGCGUGGGAGAGAGAGAGAGCGCGUGGGAGAGAGAGAGUGCGUGGGAGAGAGAGAGAGAGUGCGUGGGAGAGAGGAGAGAGGUAGGCGCCGUUAACGCUUCCGAGUCGUGGGGCUACGCACUUCCGUGCCAGUUCCUGCGGCGUUCUUCUUCUCCAGCCAUCGACCCCGGUGUCGAUCUUCCCCCCGUCACGCGCCGCAACAAGCGAUCCGGUCGUUCGCAGCUCCAGUGUUGGGUGCGACACGCCCUAGCGCGACAAAACAUGUCCUCUUAAGUGGCAGUGCUUGAAUCGGUUGUGGUCCCGCGGUCAUCCCAGUGCUUGGAGUCAGUUCUGACUGAACUACCUUCCGAGUAUCAGGGUCACGGGCCUGCAGCCGAAGUACUCAUGGCGGAUUCCCAUGAAAGUCCCUCCGGACUGGUCGGAACAAGGGUGAGAUCGGGGAAUCAUCCGGCGCUCGUCGUCAGCACCCUCGUUCUUCCGGUCGAUGCGCUCGCCAGAGCAACGUCGAGGUGCUCCGCACACCCAUCCUCAACUUAGCUGCAGCCGCCAGGAUCGCUGACUCUCUCCAGCCGACUGAUUCGGAGGCUGGUAGAGGAAUCGAGUAGAUCCGUGCCUUGUUACAUACGGCGCAGCAGCAAAACUCGGUGGUCUCCCAAUCGCACAACAAGAUACACAACAGUUCCGUUCAAGCGAACACGGGUGAGUUUUCAGUCCCGGCUCUCACCAGCAUCGCAGAGGGGGCAGCCUCUAGAACGAUCGUUCCAGGGACCAGAGUCGGAAUCCGCUUUCCAUUCGGUCUCAUCCCGAAGAUCGUCGCCGUUCGCGUACUCCUCCACGGAGUGGGCCUUACCGACCCCGGCAUUACGAUGGUCAUCGUUCGGGCGGUGACGCGCAUGAUCAAAGGCCUGAUGCAAGAGGGUAUAUCACUCAGAAGAAGGUUGAUAGAAGCUGAGCCACCGCGAUGGUCAUGAUAGAGAUCAUCCGAGUGGAAGCAGGACCGUUGUUUCUGGUCCCGAGUGUUUCAGUCGGGCAAUUCGCUCGGCUGACAUCCCUCCCAACUUCCGAUUGGCGACGGGAAUCAGCAAAUUCACAGGAGAGUCCAAACCAGAAACUUGGUUAGACGACUACAGAGUGGCGCUCUAGAUCGGUGGUGGAGAUGACCAUGUCGCCAUGAAACAUCUCCCGCUGAUGCUCGACGGUUCGGCUCGAGCUUGGCUAAACCAGUUAGCUCCAUCAAGCAUUUACAGUUGGGCAUAUCUGUCCCGAGUCUUCAUCAGGACCUUCGAGGGUACGUGCAAACGCCCUGCUGGUCUCACAGAGCUUCAGCACUGUGUCCAGAAGCAAAACGAUCCCUUGCGCGAUUUCAUCCAGCGCUGGACAACCCUGUACCACACGGUGGAGAAUGUUACUGAACACCAAGCAGUCUGCGCCUUCAAGGCAGGCGUUCGGUACAGAGAUCUAUACCUGAAGUUUGGUCGGACAUGCGACAUCUCCAUGAGCAAGAUGAUGGAGAUAGCCGCGCGCUAUGCGAGUGGCGAAGAGGAGGACCGCAUACAUAGCGGCAAGCAUAAGUCAGUCGCGGACGGAGAUGGGAGCAGCAGUCGGAAGUAGAAACAGAAAGCCCAAUCCACUCCGCAAGCAGAGGUGGCAGUCGUUACAAACGCUAAGUCCAAAGGCAAGGGGAAACCACAGUACACCCCCAAGAAGAAACAGUCAGGAAAUUCCAUCCUAGAUCAACCGAGGCCGAUCCACACGAAGACGGAUGAAGAAGGCAAUGUCAUAUUGCCGAAACAUACCACUCGGCAGUGUCGCCUCCUGAUCCAAGGAUUCGGUGAAGGACAGCCGAGUGAGAAAGACUCUGAGCAAGAUGAUGAGGACAAGGGGGAUCCGUUCCCUCAAGUCCAUGCAACGUUAAUGAUUUUUGCUGAUGUAGAAAGCAAAAGUCGACUGAAGCUGGUCAACAGGGAGGUAAACAUGGCAACCACAUCCACUCCCACGUUCCUCAAGUGGUCACAGACUGCAAUCACUUUUGAUCAGUCAGACCACCCAGCACACGUAUCCACCCCAGGGAGGCAAGCUCUGGUCGUCGACCCGGUGGUGGAAGGAGUUAGGCUGCGCAAAGUCCUCAUGGACGGCGGCAGCGGCUUGAAUAUCAUGUACGCCAAUACUCUCAAGGGAAUGGGCAUUCUGAUGUCCAGACUUAGCGAGAGCAGUAUGCAAUUCCAUGGAGUCGUCCCAGGAAGAAAGGCCAAGUCACUCGACCAGAUUGCGUUGGAUGUCGUUUUCGGCUCUUACCAGAACUUCCGCAAAGAGAAAUUAACAUUCGAGGUGGUAGACUUCCAGAGUGCAUACCAUGCCAUUCUGGGCCGUCCGACAUACGUACGUUUCAUGGCCCGUCCAUGUUACGUAUAUUUGAAGCUGAAGAUGCCUGGUCCCAAAGGCGUGAUUACUAUCACAGGCAAUCGGCAGCGGGCCGAGGAGUGCCUGCAGCAGGGGUCGAGAAUGGCAGACCAUCAGAUAGCUGUACUCGAGUUGGAUGAGUACAAGAAGAUUGCCGACCCCGCCGACCUGAUGCGUUCAAAGAAGCCAGCUUCCGAGUCCGCAUUCCAGUCGGCGAGAGACACGAAGAAAGUAAGCAUCCACCCGGCGGAUGCCACCGCCGCCCCAACAAACAUCUCCACCACCCUUGAUCCAAAAUAGGAAGACGAGCUCAUCCAAUUCCUCCGUGAGAACUGGGAAAUUUUUGCAUGGAAACCUGCUGACAUGCCAGGUGUACCGAGGGAGUUGGCUGAGCACCAAUUGCAUGUGGAUCCUACCGCUCGGCCCGUCUGAGAACACCUGCGUCGGUCCGCCGCGCACAAGAGAAAAGCAAUCGGAGAGGAGGUAGCUAAACUUCUGGCAGCCAACUUCAUUCGCGAGGUACACCACUCCGAGUGCCUCGCUAAUGUUGUCAUGGUACCCAAGAAGGACAAGUCUCUCCCUAUGUGCAUCGCUUUCAAGCACCUUAAUAAGGUCUGUCCGAAAGACCAAUUGAUCAAAUUGUUGAUUCGACUUCGGGUUCCAAGCGUUUAUCCUUCCUUGAUGCCUAUUCGGGCUAUCAUCAGAUCCGUCUGUAUGGUCCAGAUGAAUUAAAAACAUCUUUCAUCACCCCAUUCGGGUGCUUCUGUUACAUCACUAUGCCAUUCGGUUUGAAAAAUGCAGGAGCAACUUUUAUGCGAAUGAUCCAAAAAUGCCUCCUAGACCAGAUUAGUCGAAAUGUGGAGGCAUAUAUGGACGAUAUCGUAGUCAAGUCACGCAAAGGUUCCGACCUGCUGACUGACUUGGCAGAAACAUUCGCCAACCUACAUAGGUACGAUAUCAAGCUCAACCUAGGCAAGUGUUCAUUCGGCGUUCCCAGCGGGAAGUCACUCGGUUUCUUUGUUUCUGAACUUGGGAUCGAUGUCAACCCCGAAAAGAUCGGGACCAUUGUUUGAAUGGAGCGGUCGGUAAGAGUACAUGAUGUACAAAAGCUCACAGGUUGCCUAGCGGCUUUGAGCAGGUUUAUCGCUCGACUCGGCGAGAAGGCGUUACCUCUGUACCGACUCAUGAAGAAGUCGGAUACCUUCGAGUGGACAGACGAAGCCCAAACCGCAUUCGACGACCUCAAAGCCCUGCUUUCCACCCAGCCGGUUCUUACAACCCGCUCAGUAAAGAACCCCUUCUUCUAUACAUCGCGGCUACAAAUCAAUUCGUCAGCACCGUUCUGACAGUCGAACGCGAAGAAGAAGGCAAAGCGUACAGGGUUCAGCGGCCAGUAUAUUAUGUUUCCGAAGUCCUGACUCCUUCCAAGCAGAGGUAUCCCCAUUAUCAGAAGCUUAUUUAUGGGAUCUACAUGACUGCAAAGAAGGUGGCUCAUUAUUUCCAAGACCACUCGGCAUCCGUCAUAUCUGAUGCUCCGUUGUCGGAAAUUCUCCACAAUCGGGAUGCAUCAGGCCGAGUGGCAAAGUGGGCAAUGGAGAUGCUAUACUGCGACAUCAAGUUCGAAGCCAAGAAAGCUAUAAAGUCUCAAGCUCUUGCUGACUUCAUAGCAGAAUGGGUAGAACAACAGCAACCGACUCACAUCUACUCGACUCAUUGGACCAUGUUCUCCAAUGGGUCCAAGAUGUUGAAUGGCUCCGGCGCCGGCGUAGUGCUCAUGUCCCCGAAAGGUGAUAAACUCAAUUAUGUGUUGCAGAUCCAUUUUGAUUCUUCCAACAACGAAGUAGAGUACGAAGCUCUCCUUUACGGGUUGCAUGGCCAUCACACUCGGCGUCCGUCGCCUGAUGGUCUAUGGCGACUCAGAUCUAGUGGUUAAUCAAGUAAUGAAGGAGUGGGAUGUAAGGAACCCCACCAUGACUGCAUAUUGCAAUGCAAUAAGAAAGCUCGAAAAGAAGUUCGAAGGUCUGGAACUUCACCAUGUUCCCCGACUGAAAAACCAAGCAGCAGAUGAAUUGGCAAAACUUGGAUCCACACGGAGACCUGUCCCGAGUGAUGUCAGCCUCGAGCACCUACACCUCGCCUCGGUAAAAGAAGAUUAUUUUACACAGGAACCGGUGCAACCGAAGAGCUCAACAGAUUAGACUGAAGCCGAGGUUCCAGCUGUGGUUGACCUGAUCAUGGAGAUUCUGGAUAUCAUUCCCGAAUGGACUGUGCCAUUCAUUGUGUACAUCCUGAGGCAAGAGUUACCGGAAGACGAGGUCCAAGCGAGGCAGAUCGUUCACAGGUCGAAGUCCUUAACCAUCGUUGAUGACCAGUUAUACAGAGAAAGUGUUUCAGGCGUCCUUCAGCGGUGUAUCUCUCCUGAGGAGGGUCGGUUAAUUUUGGAAGAAAUUCACUCGGGAACCUGCGGCCAUCAUGCCUCCUGAAGGGUAAUCGUCGCCAAAGCAUUCAAAGCUGGUUUCUUCUGGUUGCAGGCGAAUGAAAUGGCAAAAGAUAUAGUCGACCAUUGCGAAGGUUGUCAGUUCUAUUCAAACAAGUCCCACAAGCCAAUGUCCGCGCUGAAGACAAUUCUCCUUUCUUGGCCAUUCGCCGUGUGGGGAUUAGAUACAGUCGGACCAUUCAGAACAGGCCAAGGAGGAUUCACCCAUCUGCUGGUAGCAGUCGACAAGUUUACCAAGUGGAUUGAAGCCAAGCCAGUCAAGAAGCUUGAUGCCCUUACGGCCAUCAAAUUUAUCACAGACAUCAUCGCCAAAUAGAGGGUUCCACACAACAUAAUCACCGACAAUGGCAUAAACUUUAACUCGGACGAGUUCAAAGGUUUUUGCGCAGGCCAAGGUAUGCGAGUGGAUUUUGCAUCCAUUGCGCACCCCCAAACAAAUGGACCAGCGGAGCGGGCGAAUGGACUCAUUCUUCAAGGGUUGAAGCCUCAACUCCUGCGGGAAGUUGGACAUGCCGCCGGCGCAUGGGUCACCGAGCUGCCUUUGGUGCUGUGGGGCCUCCGAACAACUCCGAAUAGAUCGAUAGGACGAUCCCCGUUUUUCCUCGUUUAUGGAGCAGAGGCAGUCCUUCCGAGUGACUUGCAUAACAACUCUCCACGAGUCGAACUCUUCUCCGAAGCCGAAGCAGAGCAAGCCAGGCAAGACGGACUAGACCUUUUAGAAGAGGAGCACGAGAUGGCAUUGAUCCGUUCAACAAUUUAUCAGCAAGAUCUGCGGCGAUUUCAUGCAUGGCACGCCAGGAGCCGCACGUUCCAAGCAGGCCACCUGGUGCUCCGAGUGGAUCAACAGAGACCACACAAGUUGGCUCCCGCCUGGGAAGGAUUGUUCAUCAUUUCUAAGGUGCUGAACAACAGAGCGUAUCGACUCUACAACCUCGACAGGGAGACGGACGAGCCGCGAGCAUGGAAUGGAGAUCUACUGAAGCGCUUCUACACAUAACCACCGACAGAGACAAUGUAAAGAACAAAUGUCAUCGAAGUAAUACAAAGCGGUUUAAUUUCUUGCCGAUUCAAAAUUCUUGCGCGUUUGCAGACUCCGGUCUAAAAAACUAACUCCGAGUGUGCACCAAAAGUCACACUCGGAGACUUAGCUGCGACUCAGAUUCGCCUAAGUAAACAACUCGCUCCGAGUGUGCACCAAAAGGCACACUCGGGGACUUAGCUGCGACAGAAGGUCGCCUAAGUAAACAACUCGCUUCGAGUGUGCACCAAAAGUCACACUUGGGGACUUAGCUACGACCCAGAGUCGCCUAAGUAAACAACUUGCUCCGAGUGUGCACCAAAAGUCACACUCGAGGACUUAGCUGCGACCCAGAGUCGCCUAAGUAAACAACUCGCUCCGAGUGUGCACCAAAAGUCACACUCGGGGACUUAGCCGCGACCCAGAGUCGCCUAAGUAAACAACUUGCUCCGAGUGUGCACCAAAAGUCACACCCGGGGACUUAGCUGCGACCCAGAGUCGCCUAAGUAAACAACUUGCUCCGAGUGUGCACCAAAAGUCACACUCGGGGACUUAGCUGCGACCCAGAGUCGCCUAAGUAAACAACUCGCGCCGAGUGUGCACCAGAAGUCACACUCGGGGACUUAGCUGCGACCCAGAGUCGCCUAAGUAAACAACUUGCUUCGAGUGUGUACCAAAAGUCACACUCGGGGACUUAGCUGUGACCCAGAGUCGCCUAAGUAAACAACUCGCUCCGAGUGUGCACCAAAAGUCACAAUCGGGGACUUAGCUGCGACCCAGAGUCGCCUAAGUAAACAACUUGCUCCGAGUGUGCACGAAAAGUCACACUCGGGAACUUAGCUGCGACCCAGAGUCGCCUAAGUAAACAACUCGCUCCGAGUGAGCACCAAAAGUCACACUCGGGGACUUAGCUGCGACCCAGAGUCGCCUAAGUAAACAACUCGCUCCGAGUGUGCACCAAAAGUCACACUCGGGGACUUAGCUGCGACCCAGAGUCGCCUUAGUAAACAACUUGCUCCGAGUGUGCACCAAAAGUCACACUCGGGGACUUAGCUGCGACCCAGAGUCGCCUAAGUAAACAACUUGCUCCGAGUGUGCACCAAAAGUCACACUCGGGGACUUAGCUGCGACCCAGAGUCGCCUAAGUAAACAACUUGCUCCGAGUGUGCACCAAAAGUCACACUCGGCGACUUAGCUGCGACCCAGAGUCGCCUAAGUAAACAACUUGCUCCGAGUGUGCACCAAAAGUCACACUCGGAGACUUAGCUGCGACCCAGAGUCGCCUAAGUAAACAACUUGCUCCGAGUAUGCACCAAAAGUCACACUCGGGGACUUAGUUGCGGCCCAGAGUCGCCUAAGUAAACAACUAACUCCGAGUGUGCACCAAAAGUCACACUCGGGGACUUAGCUCCAAACCAGAGUUGCCUAAGUAAAGAGCUUCCUCCGAGUGGGUACACAAGUUACACUUGGAGGCUUAGCUGAGUCGCCUAAACAAAAACCACAAGCCAAAAUUGUGUCAAAAAAAACUCAUCAAAAGAAGAGCAAAAGAUCCGGUUCGGAUUCAAAUGAGUUCAACGAUCAGUCGGCUCAGUGUGAAUCAAGUUUAUCCACACUGAGCCACGAAUGUACCGGCCAACAGCAGUGGCCAAAGUUUAAUACAAACUCCACUCGGCAUACCGAGGUAAAUGCGCGUUCAGCAUAAAGUCAAUCAAGCAUCGCCGGGGCUGGCAGGCUCCACGAAGGUGUCGAGGUCGAUUCCAUCUGCAAUCCGAGUGGCCGUGUCGAGGAAGGUCUCCAUGAAGUCUUCAAAUCGAAGCUUCUUGGUGUUGGCGACCUGCAACGUCUUUAGCUUGUCUUCACGGGCUUCCUUGCAAUGCACUCGGACUAGAGACAUCGCCAUGUCCGCGCCACACCGAGCAGCAGAUUUCUUCCAUGCCUGCACUCUGCUUGGAACAUCCUCCAGUCGAGUCAUCGACCCCUCUAUCUCAUUCCGGCAGUCAUCUUCAGGCCACAGCUCUUUGUCAAUUCGGCCGACAACUUCUCUCAGGCGACCAAUGAAAGGAACCACCUUGUUAAGGCGGGAAUUCACUCGGAACAUGUCCCGGUUAGCUUCAUCACCGAGUGGAAUAUUCGGUUGCCCAAGCGCCCGUUCAAUUUUGGCGGUCUCGGCUUCAAUGUCCCGACAGAAAUCUGCAAAGAAAAGACAGGGAGAAAAUAAGCGUGGAGUGAACUCCAAAGUCAAAGAGCACUCGGCAAGCAACUUACCACCAAGCAGUGCGACCAUCUUCUUCGCCGAGUCGCCAACGUAUUUCUCCUGCGCUUUGCACCGAGCGUUCAUUGACUUGAGCUCGCCCACCCAUUCAGAUCUCUCCUUCUUCUUAUUUUCUAACUCGGCUAACAGUGCCUUGUUAGUCUCCUGAGAUUCCUCCAAAGAUUUUUCUCGUUCAGCGAGAGCCUUCUUCAUGCCAGCCAUAUCGUUCGCAGCUACCUCCAAGUCGGCAGCAAGUUGAGUCUUCUCGGCCAUCAGAGCGGUAUAGGCCGAUCCCACUUCACAAGUCUUCUGUCAAAGAGACACAAAGGGAGGAUCAGCCAGAUUCAACAAGGAAAAAGUCUCGACAGAUAUGACAAAGCAAUCAAAACUUAAGAUUCUUCAGACCCCUGCCGAUGCAAGCAACCGACAGCGGUCUCGGGGAGUACACCCAGUGGGUUCACUGAGAGUGACCCCACUGGUAUGAAGCUCGAACAGGUCGGUCCCAUUGAGCUCCAUAGCAAACCAACAACACUAUGAGACUACUAUUACUCGACCCGAGUAACACUACUGUCGAGGACUACACCAAGUGGGUGCACUCGGCGUGCCCCCACUGGUACCAUUCGGGCAGAUCAGUUCUGAUCUGUAGAGAUUAUGGAAAAUACAUAUAAAGACAACUGCCGGUGCAAACACUCGGCAGAAGUCUCGGGGACUACACCCACUGGGUUCACUCGGAGUGAACCCACUGGAAAAUUAACCUACUAUAUCCGAGUAUCUCGCCAAAACCCCCAGUGAGCACCAAGAGGAAUGUAAACACUUACUAGCGCACUUACUCGGAUAUCAUCCCGAAGCUCCAAGAUCUUCUUGUACAGGGACGCAACAGAGUCGUAUGCUCCCUUGGUUUCGCCCACCAUCAGCUCCACUUGUACCAUGGCAUCCUUGGCGGCUCCUACUUGAUCUUCCGAGAGGCGUCGGGCAUCAUAGUGAGCAGUCGAUGGACCCGGCGUGGCAGACGGCGCCCUAGGCAUCCCGAGCUCCCUAGGCAUCCCGAGCUCUGCUCCAGUCGGUUCCGCCGUGAAGGCCACCGUCUCAGUCAGUGGCACGCUCAUGGCGCGGCUGGCAGCAGGUUGGAUAACCCCAGGGACAGGCGCCAAAGCUAGUUCCGACCCCCUUUGGUCGUCGUCGUCCAGAUGGAUCACCUCCGAAGGAAGCCCGACUGAACAAAAUAAAAAUACAGAAAAAUAUCAAGAUCAAAGACAACACUCACGAAACAGUAAUACAACUCUUGGAGUCGUGACAACGUACCUUGCUGGGACGUGGCGGCGUUAUCAGUGUCGAUGGGAUCGUCACCCUGACGCGGCAGAGAGGUGGCGGAGGUAGCAUCUCUGUUGAGUGAAAUCCAUUCGACAGGUAAACAUGAAUUCCCAAAAAGAAGGGUCCAAUCGGAUACUGAAGGAAGAUGGAAGAGCAAAGAUACUUACGCUGAGGCGACCGGAACAGCGAUCCUCAUCCGGGGCAAAGCUUUCCGAGGUUUAGACCCGCUGGGUUUAGCCACCUUGGACGGCUGAUCCACGGGCUCGACAGAAGAACCCCUGGUUCUCUUCACACUCCGAGCACUCGGGGCCACGGGAGGAGCUGGCGGAAUAGCGGGGUCAUGACGGUGCUUGGUUCGGCGUUCUGGUGGUGACGGUGACGAGCUCUGCUCUUCACUCUCCUCCUCCUCCUCUUCUGUUUCCUCCUCCGUCUCCCUACUGUCAGAGACGUACAAGGCACUACCCGCGCUACCCUCCAUGCUGCCUUCUUCUUCCUUGACCGGAUCCCCACCUAAGACUGCAGAAUGCCAGUUCGUCCACUCCUGCACAAAACACAGUCGGCGACGUCAGUCGGCGAGACAAGAAAAGCAAUAAAACUGAGAAGGUUAGAAGCACUCGACAAAAUGUACUCACCUCAUUCGGAGGAGGAUUUUGGGUGCAGAAGGCCUUGACCCGCCAAGCUCCCACAGGGUUAUCACAUGUGCCCGUGAUGCUGCGGACCCACGCACCCACGGUCUCCUCGCUCACGUCUUCAGGAUGGGACCGAGUGGUAUCCGAAGGCCCCGUGUAAUUCCACAUUGCGUGGUCUCGGGCCUGGAGCGGCUGGAUGCAUCGAACCAGAAAAGUCUCCAACAGGUCCAUGCCGGUGACUCCGUUCCGGACGAUAGUUACCAACGCGUCGAUCAAAGGCUGGAUCUGGGUUUUUUCUCCCUUAGAGAGCGCUAGCUUCCUGGGAGGGCCCGGACGAUUGCCAGUUCCUAACCGACUCGGAUAGCUGAAGGGAGGGAUAACUACUUUCCGUUUUCUUCUGAAAUCCUAAAUCCCCGCAGAGCUGGAAGAUGUGUGUCUUAUCAUCAGACUGGCUAAGUUUCUUAACCAUUUGACAUCUAGCAGAGAAAACAUAUUUGAAGAGCCCCUAGUGGGGAGGACAUCCUAUGAAACACUCGCAGAGGGUGAUGAAUGCGGAAAGAUGAGCUAUCGCAUUCGGCGGAAAGUGAUGGAGCUGCGCCCCGAAGUAGUUCAUAAUACCUCGGAAGAAAGGAUGGGGAGGCAGGGAGAAACCUCUGGCCACGUGGGUGAGCAGCAGGACGCGCUCCCCCUCCCUCGGCGCCGUCUCCAUCUCGCCUUCCGGCAGCCUCCAAGACUUAUUGACGACCAUGUUGUGCUCCACUAGCUCCAGCACGUCGGUCUCCCUCACCGUGGAGGGGAGGAAGUCCCCCUGGAUCCAGCCCACCGGCAACGCCCGCUUCCGCUACUGAGUGGAGGGCGCCCCCAUCUUCUUCUUCUUCACCUCGAGCUUGCUGGUCUGCACCUUCGUCAUGGCGGGGGCGACGGAUCCGCGCAUGAGGAGGGGAAGGGGGUGGCUAGAGGUGUGCAGGGAGUUGCCGGGGGGGGCGAGAUAAAUGGGAGGAAGACAAGGAGCGCAACAGGAAGGUCCGCCAGGAAGGCUUUAAAAGGCCUCCGACUGAGUCACCUACAUGUGGACCCAAGAUCUUAUCCUCCCAACCGGCCGCUGCAAGAUUAGUGGAGAAGAUCACGACGCGGUAAUCGAGGAGGCGAAAUCUACUCGAUGGCGAUGACGUCAUCCCCGCUGAGCGCGCGGCAACUGAAAUUUGAGAAUCCCGGAAAAUCCGGUGCUGUCAGUAUGACCGGUCACGUCGAAAGAUUCCGCGGAAGCAAUCGGUCCCUCACGGUUCGUUUCGCUUGCAUAUUCACUCGGAUCACUAGCCACAAAGAUAAAAUGGAUCAAGGCAGACAACGCUAAGAUCACCUCCAUACCAGUCGGCUCCAAACUCCGGACAUCACUUCAUCGUUCCAGCCCCGAUCCAUUCGGGGACUAAUGAUGGGGUUAUAGUCCCAGGGUAGGGUCAUAGGUCUGCCCUAUAGGUCCUACCCAAGGACUACCCUUCAUAGGAGACAAGGCCCUUAGACAGUUCCGACUGAACUAAAGAUGCCCCCAUCAUCCAGUCGGCGACGAUCCACUCGGAGCAUAUCUAACGUAUCGACUGGAAUCCACUCUGUACAUCGUAACCUCCCAGGAGGGCAACGGUCAUACGUUUUCAUACACCAUAACUAGCAUUUAAGGCUUACGUUACCAGUAACGCCAACGUUUAAUCGCCACUACUCCACCCUUGUCCACCGAACCAGUAUGAAGGGCAGCGCACUCUAUAUAAGCCGCCCUUCACCACCGGUACAGGGUUUGGCACUUGCUGUAAUCCCUCAAUACACUCGACACAAAGCUCCCAAGAGCACUGAGACGUAGGGCUUUUACCUCCACCAUAGAGGGGCCUGAACUCAUACAUCCUCGCCGUAGCAAAGGCUCUGCCCAUAUACUUUCGUACCCUGUACUUCUACUGUCAGACUUAUACCCACGAUAGCUCGACUAUAUGAUUUUGUAGGGAUAACUGUCAAUGGCCUUCUUAUUUUGAAAUUUCAUGAUUACCUUGCUAGUUUGCUUGAAGUAUUAUUGUUUUCAUGUUAAUAGCAAACUAUUGUUUCAAAUCUUAUGGAUUUGAACAUUCAUGUCACGUGAAAGAAGUUGCAAAGGACAACUAUGCUAGGUAACAUUCCACAUCAAAAAUUCAUUCUUUAUCACUUCCCUACUCGAGGACGAGCAGGAGUUAAGCUUGGGGAUGCUUGAUACGUCUCCAACGUAUCUAUAAUUUUUUAUGGUUUCAUGUUAUUAUCUUGUCAAACUUUGGAUGUUUUGCAUGCCUUUUAUAUAUUUUUUGGGACCAACUUAUUAACUCAGUGCCAAGUGCCAGUUCAUGUUUUUUCCAUGUUUUUGACCCCUUUCAGAGGAGAUUUUGAAACAGAGUCCAAACGGAAGAAAACCCCCGAAAAGAUUUUUUCCGUAACGGAAGAAGAUCGGGAAGCUUGAGAGCCAAGGCAGGGGGGUCUCAGGGGCCCCACAAGCCCCCACCCCGCGGCGAGGGGGGAGUCCGCGGCCCAGAGGCUUGUGGGCCCCCUCGAAUCCCUCUGCCCUAGGGGUUGCGCCUAUAUAUUCCCUAAAAAUCCCAAAAAAAUCAGGAGAUCAUCGAAAGUACUUUUCCGCCGCCGCAAGCUUCUGUCUCCGCAAGAUCCCAUGUGCGGCACAUUCUGGUGCCCUGCUGGAGGGGGGAUUCAGACAUAGAGGGCUUCUUCAUCAACACAAUGACCUCUCCGAUGAUGCGUGAGUAGCUCACCAUAGACCUACGGGUCCAUAGCUAGUAACUAGAUGUCUUCUUCUCUCUCUUGGAUCUUCAAUACAAAGUUCUCCAUGAUCUUCAUGGAGAUCUGUCCGAUGUAAUCUUCUUUUGCGGUGUGUUUGUCGAGAUCCUAUGAAUUGUGGAUUUAUGAUCAUAUUAUCUAUGAAUCUUAUUUGAGUUUCUUCUGAUCUCUCUUAUGCAUGAUUUCAUAUCCUUGUAAUUCUCUUCGAGUUGUGGGUUUUGUCUGGCCAACUAGAUCUAAGAUUCUUGCAAUGGGAGAAGUGCUUGGUUUUGGGUUCAUACCGUGCGGUGACCUCACCAAGUGACAGAAGGGGUAGCGAGGCACACAUCGUGUUGUUGCCAUCAAGGAUAAAAAGAUGGGGUUUUCAUCAUUGGUUUGAGAUUAUCCCUCUACAUCAUGUCAUCUUGCUUAAGGCGUUACUCUGUUCGUCAUGAACUCAAUACACUAGAUGCAUGCUGGAUAGCAGUCGAUGUGUGGAGUAAUAGUAGUAGAUGUAGAAAGUAUCGGUCUACUUGUCUCGGACGUGAUGCCUAUAUGUAUGAUCAUUGCCUUAGACAUCAUCAUGACUUUGCGCGGUUUUAUCAAUUGCUCGACAGUAAUUUGUUCACCCACCGUGAUAUUUGCUAUUUCGAGAGAAGCCUCUAGUGAAAACUAUGGCCCCUAGGGUCUACUCCACUGCGACACAUCAGCGGGUACUCUCAACUUUCCACCUCUAGUGAAAACUAUGGCCCUCAGAUAUUUUCAGCCUUACACUUUUUACUUCGUUGCACUUUCCGCCUUCAGAUCUCACUUUGCAAACAAUCUUGAAGGGAUUGACAACCCCUUUGAAGCGUUGGGUGCAAGCUUGUUUGUGUUUGCGCAGGUACUCUGGACUUGACGAGACCCUCCUUCUGGAUCGAGACCUUGGUUCUCAAACUGAAGGAAAUACUUACUGCUCCUGUGCUGCAUCACCCUUUCCUCUUCAAGGGAAAAACCAAUGGAAGCCCAGUCUCCAUCAACGUGUCAACUUCUGGCGCUGUUGUCUGGGGCCGUAGCAGUUACCUUCUGAGAAAUUGCAUUGAGGAAUGCACAAAGCUUCACAAUGGCGAAUCGAACAUUUUCUGGUAGAAGCCCCCUCAAUGCAACCGGAAGCAAUUCCGUCAUAAUCACGUGGAAGUCAUGAGACUUUAGGUUUUGUAAUUUUUUCUCUGCCAUAUUUAUUAUUCCCUUUAUAUUCGAUGAGAAGCCAGACGGGACCAUCAUACUGAGCAUGUAUUCAAAGAAGAUUUCCUUCUCUUCUUUAGUAAGAGCGUAGCUGGCAGGACCUUGAUAUUGCUUUGAAUGUAUAUCGUCUUUUCCGUGCAUACGUUGCUGGUCCUCCCGUGACUCCGGUGUAUCUUUUUUCUUCCCAUACAUACCCAAGAAGCCUAGCAGGGUCACACAAAGAUUCUUCGCCGCAUGCAUCACGUCGAUUGUAGAGCGGGCCUCUAGGACUUUCCAAUAGGGUAGUUCCCAAAAUAUAGAUUUCUUCUUCCACAUGGGUGUGUGUCCGUCCGCAUAAUUCAGAACAUAUUCUCCGCGAGGACCAAUUUCAAAGAUUACUUUUAAAUCCGUGACCAUAUCAAGUAUAUGAUCACCAGUACGGUGGUCAGGGUUGUUCUAGUGAUCUGCCUCACCUUUGAAAUGCUUGCCUUUCUUUCUUAAGAGAUGCUUGAUCGGAAGAAAUUGACGAUGUCCUAGGUGCACAUUCUUCUUACAUUUAUCCAAAUAUAUACUCUUGGUCUCACUUAAAUAGUGUGUGCAUGCAUUGUAUCCCUUGUUUGUCUAUUCUAAAAGGUCACUAAAAGCAUGCCAAUCAUUGAUUGUUACAAACAACAACGCUCGUAGGUCAAAUUUCUCAUGUUUGUGCUCAUCCCACACGCAUACACCUUUUAUAUCCCACAAUGGUAAAAGUUCUUCAACUAAUGGCCUUAGGUACACACCAAUGUUGUUGUCGGGUUGCAUAGGGCCUUGGAUGAGCACUGGCAUCAUAACAAACUUCCACUUCAUGCACAACCAAUGAGGAGAGUUAUAGAUACAUAGAGUCACACGCCAGGUGCCAUGAUUGUUGCUCUGGUCCCCAAAAGGAUUAAUGCCAUCUACACUGAGACCAAACCAACAGUUCCUUGCGUCAUCUUCAAAAUCCGACGACUCUCUCUCCAUUUUUCUCCACUGCGACACAUCAGCGGGUACUCUCAACUUCCUAUCUUUCUUACGGUCUUGUUUGUGCCAUCGCAACAACUUGCCAUGCUCUUUGUUUUGAAACAAAGAUUCCAAAAGUGGUAUUAUAGGAGCAUACCACAUCACCUUGGCAGGAAUCCUCUUCCUGGGGCGCUCGCCCUCAACAUCACUAGGGUCAUCGCUGCUGAUCUUAUAGCGCAAUGUACCGCAUAUCGGGCAUGCAUUCAAAUUCUCGUACUCCUCAUCACAAUAGAGGAUGCAGUCAUUACGGCAUGCAUGUAUCUUCUACACCUCCAAUCCUAGAGGGUAGACAACCUUCUUUGUUUCGUACGUACUGUCGGACAAUUCGUUGUCCUUUGGAAGCAUCUUCAUUAACAUUUUCAGCAACUUCUCAAAUCCCUUGUGAGAUACAUCAUUCUCUGUGUUCCAUUGCAGCAAUUCCAGUGUGGUACCCAGCUUUUUCUUGUCAUCUAAGCAAUUUGGGUACAAUAAGUUUUUGUGAUCCUCUAACAUGUGCUGCAACUUCAACUUCUCCUUUUCACUUUCGCAGUUUGACUUUGCAUCAGCAAUGGACCGACCAAGAUCAUCAAUGGGCUCAUCUGAUGCCUCUUCUUCACCUUCUUCAUCUUCAUUCUCUUCCCCCCAUUGUAGUACCAUCGUAUUCAGGGGACCCAUGAUAGUUGUCAUCAUCCUCUUCUUCUUCAUUAUCUUCCAUUAGUACACCUCUUUCUUCGUGCUUGGUCCAACAGAUAUAGCCGGACAUGAAACCAGACGUAAACAGGUGGACGUGAAUGAUUUUUGAGCUAGAGUAAUUCCUAUCAUUCUUACACACACCACAUGGACAACGCAAAAACCAUUCCACUUGUUUGCCUUAGCCGCAUGCAGAAAACUAUGCACGCCAUCAAUGAAAUGGGGAGAGCGUCGGUCGUCGUACAUCCAUUGUCAACUCAUCUUCAUUACACAACACCGAAAAGACCAAAUUAAUACAAGUUCAUACAUAAAGUCCAUACACACUUAUUCUCAUAAAACAACAUAAAACUAUGUAGCUAAAACAUUUAGAUGCAAUAACAAAUGCAAUUAAAAUCACAACUAAGGUAAUAAUCGAACCAAUAGCAUAACGAUACCAAGCCUCUUUAUUAACGACAUAUUUUCUAAUCUUUCUAAUCUUCAAGCGCAUUGCAUCCAUCUUGAUCUUGUGAUCAUCGAAGACAUGAGCAACGUAAAACUCCAAUUUCAUCUUCUCUUCUCAAAUUGUUUUCAAUUUUUCUUUCAAAUACUCAUUUUCUUUUUGAACUAAAUUUGACUUCUCGACAAGAGGGUCGGUUAAAAUUUCCGGUUCACAUACCUCCCAGAUAUGAAUAUCUAUGUCAACUUGAUGGGCAUAAUUUUCAUAAACACAAAAUACAACAAAUAGUUAUAAAAGAGAAUAUACCACAUCCGAAUCAUAAACCGGACGAGGGCCAAUGGGCACGGAUAUCUAAACCAUGGCACUAUGUAUAACAAACAAUCAUACAAGUAAGAAAAUUAUGCAAGUAACCAUCUAAAUCAUACAAAUAAGAUUUUUUUAGAAAAAUGAUAAGAACAAGAGGCUCACCAAGGUGGUUCCGGCGAUGGGACGGUGCGGGUGAUCGACGGUUGUUAGGACGGGCACGGGAAGGCACUAAGUAAACCAGACCUACACAUAUGCAAACUAAGAAGUUAAUUUGAGCUCAAGUUGCAUAUAAAUGAAAUAAACUCCCACAUAAUUACUUCAAACUAAAACCCACAAAUCACUAUACUUAUAGAGCAUUGCACGAGCUAAUCUAGCAAUGAGAGAUGAAAAGACAAAGUUGCUAACCUUUGUGAACACUUGGAUAGAUGGGGUGCCUCAAAUCUUGAAAAAUGGAGGAUGACAUGGAGCAAGGGGAAGAGUGAAGAGGAGAGAAAGGGGCAAACUGAGAAAGUAGAGCUCUUGGGCUCGGGCUUGACGAAGCACUAUAUAUAGUGAUAUCUUUAGUCCCGGUUGGUGAUACAAACCAGGACUAGAGAUGGACAUCUAGUCCCAGUUGGUAGCACCAACCCGGACUAAAGGGGAUCGCAUGAUCCCAGGCCUAACGCAACCUUGCCACGACACCUUUAGUCCCGGUUGGUAACUAAUAAACCGAGUAUAAAGCCUCGCCUUUGGAACCGGAACUAGUUGUCAAAUUAGUCCCGGUCCAAAACGAGACCAGGAUUAAUGCUCCGCACAAAAUCCCUAUUUUAUACUUGUGAUAGUUUACAAGCCAUAUUAACAUUAAAUUGUCUCAAAUACAUUUGAAAUGAAAGGUUGUCGAUACAUGUAUUGGUUGCCAACAUGAAUCCACAUAUUCUCAACCAAAUCAUUUUGCAGUUGCAUGUGAGUUUCCCAAUCACGUAUCUGAUGAUGAAACUCGGUGAACUGUGCAAACAUUAUCGCUCCUCCAUGCUGAGGCACAACAAUGUCACCCUGAAACUAAAACUCUUGCUCAUAGCGACAUUCUGGGCUCUCAUCCUCUACGAUCAUGUUGUGCAUGAUCACACAAGAAGUGAUCACCUUCCAAGGCUUCUAGGGGACCCAAGUUCUUGCAAGAUACCAAACAAUGGCCCAUCGAGAUUACACCAAAUGCAUGUGAUGACCCGCAAGUAUAGGGGAUCAAUCGUAGUGCUUUCGAUAAGUAAGAGUGUCGAACCCAACGAGGAGCAGAAGGAUCUGACAAGUGGUUUUCAGCAAGGAAAAAUCUGCACGCACUGAACUUGUCUGUAACAAGUGAUUGUGUGGUGAGAUGAUUCGUAGCAAGCAACAAGUAACAAAAGUAGCAACGGUGCAGCAAAGUGGCCCAAUCCAUUUUGUAGCAAGGGACAAGCCUGGACAAAGUCUUAUAGGAGGAAAAACGCUCCCGAGGACACACGAGAAUUUCUGUCAUGCUAGUUUCAUCAUGUUCAUAUGAUUCGCGUUCGUUACUUUGAUAGUUUGAUAUGUGGGUGGACCGGCGCUUGGGUACUGCCCUUACUUGGACAAGCAUCCCACUUAUGAUUAACCCCUCUCGCAAGCAUCCGCAACUCCGAAGGAAGAAUUAAGACAAAGUCUAACCAUAGCAUUAAACUAGUGGAUCCAAAUCAGCCCCUUAUGAAGCAACGCACAAACUAGGGUUUAAGCUUCUGUCACUCUAGCAAACCAUCAUAUACUUACUACUUCCCAAUGCCUUCCUUUAGGCCCAAAUAAUGGUGAAGUGUUAUGUAGUCGACGUUCACAUAACACCACUAGAGGAAAAACAACAUACAACAUAUCAAAAUACUGAACGAAUACCAAAUUCACAUGACUACUAUUAGCAUGACUUAUCCCAUGUCCUCAGGAACAAAAGUAACUACUCACAAAGCAUAAUCAUAUUCAUGACCAGAGAGGUAAUGAGUAGCAUCAAGGAUCUGAACAUAAACUCUUCCACCAAGUAAUGCAACUAGCAUCAACUACAGAGAGUAAUCAACACUACUAGCAACCUUACAAGUACCAAUCGGAGUCGUGAGACGGAGAUUGGUUACAAGUGAUGAACUAGGGUUUGGAGAUGAGAUGGUGCUGAUGAAGAUGUUGAUGGUGAUGAGUCCCCUCCGAUGAGAGGAGAGUUGGUGAUGACGAUGGCAAUGAUUUCCCCCUCCGAGAGGGAAGUUUCCCCGGCAGGAUCGUCCUGCCGGAGCUCUAGAUUGGUUCUGCUCAAGUUCCGCCUCGUGGCGGCAGCGAAACCACGAAAAAGCUCCUCCCUGAUUUUUUUUUCUGGACGAAACCCUUCAUAUAGCAAAAGAGGGGGGCAAGUGGGCCAGCAGGUUGCCCACAAACCCAUGGAGCGUCCUGGGGGGGCUGGCCGCGCCGUGCAGGCUUGUGGCCAACCCCUGGCGCCCCUCUGGCACUUCUUCGGCCCAGUAUUUUUGAUAAAUCAGCAAAAAAUCCUCGUUGAUUUUUACGGCGUUUGGAGUUGCGCAGAAUAGGUAUCUCAACUUUGCUCCGCUUUCAGGCCACAAUUCCAGUUGUCGGCAUUCUCCCUCUUCAUGGAAACCUUGCAAAAUAAGAGAGAAAAGGCAUAAGAAUUGUACCGUGAAGUGAAAUAACAGCCAAAGAAGCAAUAAAUAUCAACAUGAAAACAUGAUGCAAAAUGGACGUAUCAACUCCCCCAAGCGUAGACCUCGCUUGUCCUCAAGCGAAAGCCUCGCUCAAUAAAUAUGUCCACAUGUUUAUGGAGAGAGGUGUCGACAAAACAAGUUACGAACAUGCAUGCAUCAUGAUCAUGAUCAGAACAGCAAUACCAACAUAUAAUCUAUCAUGCUAAAGUGAUAAUUGCUUCACAAAGUAACGCAUGGAUCAAGAACCUUACCGAGAAGUAACAACCGAUAGCCUUUAGUCAUUGAAGCAAUUGCAAUUUGUCACAACUUCAGAAAGAGUCAAAUAAGAGCUUGUAAAGCAAAUCCACAUACUCAAUUGACAACUUACUUGAGGGAUCUUAUUCAAUCCAUAGGUAGGUAUGGUGGACACUCAUGGCAAAACUGGGUUGAUGGUUUAUGGAUGCACAAGUAGUAUCUCUAUUAGUGCGGGAGGUUUGGCUAAUGUGAGGUGGAAGCAAUCGUCACAUGCUAAGGGAUCUCUAGUCAUAUAACAUUGUUCGGAGCCAAGAAAACACAAUUCAUUAUGUUGUCUUCCUUGUCCAACUUCUACUUCUAGGCAUGCAAUAGUUUAGUGAGUGUUCACAAUCAUAGAUGGUGUUAGAGAUGAUAUAUUUAUAUGUGAACCUCUCCUUCUUUAUCACUUCCUAUUAAUUUCAACCAUGUCCAAGGUCUACGUUUGCCUACCCUCAACAAGUUUCAAUCCUCAUUCUUUUUAUAUGUGAAGCCAUCACUUCACAUAAGAUCAUUACAUGAUCUUUCAUGCUUUUGUUCUAUUCUCACUCUUUUGAUCAUGGCAAGAGGCAAAGCCCUUCAACUAAGACACUCUUUAUUAUAUGGCUCACGAGCUCAAAUACAUUGGGGGUGACACAAAGCAAAACUCAAGACUAAAACACUAAGACUUUUAAUCUACUAUAGAAAGAGAAAACUAAAAAGGAAAACUAAAACAAAGGUAAAGGCAAAAGAUGUGAUGGUGAUACGAUACCGGGGCAACUCCCCCAAGCUUGGCACAAGCCAAUGGGAUUGCCCAUAACAAUGCUCAGUUGUCUUCCUUUGGUGGUGAUGGUGGUGGAGUUGUUGUAAUCUUUGACUCCAAGAGGGCCGUUAAUCUUUGAUUUAUACCUUGGAGAUCUGCGAUAUGUUUUUCCAGCAAAGCAACUUCACGAGUGAGACAAGUAUUGCGAGCAUGAGUUGUUUCACAAAACCUCAAGAGUUCAAUCAAAGAUGGAGACGGUAGGUGGAUGAAGGGUUGGAGGAAAUCCACUUCUUCAACUUCUUCCUUGUUGAGCACAGAUUGCACUUCGUCCCAUGCCUGAUCCUUCUCCUUAGCUUUGCCCUUGGUUUCUUUAGGUAGCCAUUCCUUAGCCUCCAUGACCUCCAUCCUUUUCAGAUCAGCAUGAACUUCUCCAUAGAUUUUACGGAGGUUGUUCUCCCCCACAGAUUCCUGGGACAACAUCUUGACGUAGAUCUGCGGCAGAAAACAGGCUCGAAACAAAAAAACAGAGGAAAUCUGCGUGAUGCAGGGGUCAGACCAAACGGAAGUAUAUAUAAUGAUUUUUUCCUGACCAGAAGGAGUACCCCGCACGAAAACGGAGUCUCGGAGGCGCACGAGGUGGCCACAAGCCCUCACGGCGCGGCCAGGGGGUGGGCCCGCACCGUGCAGGCUUGUCGCCUCCUGGCAUUUUCCGGACUACUUCCAAUUUUUGUAUUUUUUCAAAUAUUCCAAAACAGAGAAAAUUUCCUACUGGAAAAGUUUUGGACUAUGUUUUCUUACCGAAUCACAUACCUCUUCGUUUUCGGAGUCUGAAAGAGGCUGAUACAUAUCCCUUAGGUAUUCUUCUGGAGUUAUGGUAUUGAUAAUAUUGCUUUCAACAUUUAUGGGAGUACCUGAGAUAUAGUGCUUGAUUGUCUGCCCAUUUACCACUCUCGGACAAUUACCUUCCAUGUUGUUGAUCUUGAUAGCACCGGAACGAUAUACUUCCUCAACAACAUAGGGACCUUCCCAUUUAGAGAGAAGCUUGCCUACAAAGAAUCUUAAACGAAAGUUAUAUAGCAAGACAUAAUCACCUACAUUGAACUCACACUUUUGUAUCCUCUUAUCAUGCCACCUCUUAACCUUCUAUUUGAACAGCUUGGCAUUCUCAUAUGCCUGAGUUCUUGAUACGUUUCCAUCGUAUCUAGUUUUCCAAACUCUUUUGCCCUUGUUUUGGACUCUAAUUUGCAUGAUUUGAAUGGAACUAACCCGGACUGACGCUGUUUUCAGCAGAAUUGCCUUGGUGUUAUUUUUGUGCAGAAAUCAAUGUUCUCUAAACGUCCUAAAAAUUUACGGGGAGCAGUUUUGGAAAAUAUAAAAAAUAUCUGCGCCAAGUUCCACCUCAGUGGGUGGGCCAGUGGGUCACAAGCCCUUGCUCCGCCACCACCCCCUGGUGGCAUGGUGCAGGCUUGUGGGGCCCACACGGCUCUGCCACCCCCAAUCUCAGGUCUAUAAGAUCCCAUUCGUCCCAGAAAAAAUGAAAAGAGAAGUUUUUGUCGCGUUUUCGAUACGGAGGCGCCGCCACCACUUGUGCUUCAUCUGGAGGGCAGAUCUGGAGUCCGUCUUGGGCUCCGGAGAGGGGAAAUCGUCGCCAUCAUCAUCAUCAACCUUCUUCCCUCUCCAAUUCCAUGAAGCUGAUCUUCGUCGUUCGUGAGUAAUCUAUUCGUAGGCUCGCUGGGCGUUGAUGAGUAGGAUGAGAUCUAUCAUGUAAUCGAGUUAGUUUUGAUGGGGAUUGAUCCCUAGUAUCCACUAUGUUCUGAGAUUGAUGUUGCUAGUACUUUGCCAUGCUUAAUGCUUGUCACUAGGGCCCGAGUGCCAUGAUUUCAGAUCUAAAAUUAUUAUGUUGUCACCAAUAUAUGUGUGUUUUAGAUCCGAUCUUGCAAGUUGUAGUUACCUACUAUGUGUUAUGAUCCGACAACCCCGGAGUGACAAUAACCGGAACCACUCCCGGUGAUGACCAUAGUUUGAGGAGUUCAUGUGUUCACCAAGUGCUAAUGCGUUGGUCCAGUUCUUUAUUAAAAGGAGAACCUUAAUAUCCCAUAGUUUCCUUUUGGAUCCCGCUGCCACGGGAGGGAUGGACAAUAGAUGUCAUGCAAGUUCUUUUCCCUAAGCAUGUAUGACGACACACGGAAUGCAUGCCUACAUCACAUUGACGAACGGGAGCUAGCCACAUAUCUCUCCAUGUUAUAGCUAUUGCAUGAUGAAUAUCAUCCAAACAAAUCACCGACCCAUUGCCUAUGAGUUUGUCCUACUGCUGCUGUUACUUAUCUUGCACUGCUGUUACUGCUACUAUUGUUGCUACUGCUGUUACUUGUCUUGCUCUGCUGCUACUGUUGCUACUACUGUCGCUUGCUACUGUUGCUACUUGCUAGUGCUGUCACUACUACUGUUCCUUGCCACUACUAUUGCUCGUUACACUGCUGCUACCUGCUACACUGUUGGUUCACCAGCCGUUGACGGGAACUGACAACUUCCGUCAACGAGGCAACGGAGGCGCCAUUGAUACAAUCGUUAGGAAUAGUCUGCCAUCAAAAGAUCGUUUCUGACACCGUUGUUAUCAUACUACUUUGUUGUUACUACUGUGCUUGCAGAUACUAAUCUUUCAGGUGUGGUUGAAUCCGACAAAUUCAGCUGCUAAUACUCGAGAGUAUUCUCUCACCUCCUGACUGGCUUAUCAACAAAUUGGGUCGAAUACUCUACCCUCGAAAACUGCUGCGAACCCACGCGCUGGUGGGCCGUCAACAACAUUCUUCUAGUUUCAUUACUGGGGAGUGCUAUGAGCAUUCUUCUGGUGCCGUUGCAGGAGAAGGUCUGUUGUCAUAAGCAUUCGUCUAGCUAACGCCAGAGAUUGCAGAUCAGCAUUUUUCUGGCGCCGUUGCCGGGGAGGUAUUGCUAUAUUCUCUGAGUUACUUGGGAUUUAUAUCUGCUGAUCACUAUGAAGAAUCUGAAGGAUCCGAAGUCCAAAGUUUUGCCCUCAACUACGAGGGGAGGUAAGGAAUUGCCAUCGAGCACUGCACUUGAUUCACCUUCAGUUAUGAGUAAGUUUGCGACUUCACCUCCUGCUAGAAAUCUUGAUUUGUCGCAUGUGCUUGAUGCUAUGCUUGAUACUAUGCCUGAUACUGCUAGAGAUGAUAUGCCUGAUACUGCUAGAGAUGCUAUGCUUGAUACUGCUUUGCCUGAUGAUGCUAUGCUUGAUACUGUUAGAGAUACUCCUUUGCCUAAUGUUCCACUAGGAGUGUUCCUUGAUAUUCAUAUUGCUAGAGUUACUGCCAAUGCUCGUGAUGCUUCUGAAACUGCCGACACUAUUGAGAUAGAACCUGCUUUUGCUCCUGCUAGAUCUAGCUCUCCUAGAUAUGAAUUGCCUGAUAUACCUGAGGGUUACGUUAUGGAGGAGAGAUAGCUGGGGAUUUUCUUGCGUGUAAGGAUGCCUAUGACGCUGAGAAAUUACUUCUCAAGUGGAAGGAAAAAUCUCGGGAAGCUAGGACAAAAAAUGACCCGUAGUUUGCCACUUCACCUAUCUUUGUCACCGAUAAGGAUUAUGAAUUCUCUGUCGACCCUGAGAUAAUCUCUCUAGUCGAAUCUGAUCCUUUUCACGGUUAUGAGUCUGAGACGGUCAUAGCCCAUCUUGCCAAACUAUCCGAAAUAGCCAACCUUUUCACUAAUGAGGAGAAGAUCCGCCAGUACUAUAUCCUUAAGCUGUUUUCUUUCUCUCUAAAGGAUGAUGCUAAAGCCUGGUUCACCUCUCUUGCUCCUGGAUGUGUGCGUAGUCCCCAGGAGAUGGUCUAUUACUUCUGUGAGAAAUAUUUCCCUGCCCAUAAGAAGCAAGCUGCCUUGCAGGAAAUAUACAACUUUGCUCAACUCCAAGGACAGAGUCUUCCACAAGCUUGGGGGAGGCUCGUCUAGCUACAGAAUGCUUUGCCUGAUCACCCUCUUAAGAAGAACGAGAUACUUGAUAUCCUCUAUAACGGACUUACCGAUGCCUCUAGAGACCACUUAGAUAGUUGUGCCGAUUGUGAUUUUAGGGAGCGAACUGUAGAACAAGCUGAGACCCUGCUGAAUAACCUCUUGAUCAACGAUAAUGCUUGGACUAUUCCCGAACCACCUCCUAACCAACUCCUAAGAAAAGAGGUAUUCUAUUCCUCGGUCCCGAAGAUAUGCAAGAAGCCAAGAAAUCUAUGCAAGAGAAAGGCAUUAGAUCUGAAGAUGUCAAAAAUAUACCACCUAUCGAAGAGAUCCACGGUCUCGACAACCCGAUACAGGUAGUGGAAGUGAAUUCUCUGUGUAGGUUUGAUGAGAGUGAUAUUCCUUUUGAUAAACCUGCUAGCCUAUGCUUUGAUGAAUUUGACAACUUUGUUGCCAAACAACAGAGUUUCAAUGAUUAUGUUAGCAAACAUUUGGAACAAAGUCCUCAUAUGCUUAGCCAACUAAGUGCUUGUGUAGACAGAAAUGUCAAUGCUGUGAAGCUUCUGAGUAAACAUGCCUCUAUGAUUACUACCCAGGUAGAACAAGUACUUAAAGCUCAGAAUAACCUACUCAAUGAAUUAAAUGAAAACUCUGUCAGAGUCAUUACUAGAGGAGGCAAAAUGACUCAGGAACCUUUGUAUCCUGAAUGUCAUCCUAAGAGAAUUGAUCAAGAUUCUCAAGGAAUCAAUGUUGAUACGUCCAGUCAUCCUAAGGAGAAGAAGAAGGAUGAUAGAGACCUGCACGCCAGUUCACCAAAUACUGUCACACCUGAAGAACCUAAUGAUAUCUCUGCGUCUGAUGCAGAAAAACAAUCAGGUGAUAAACAUGAACCUGGUGACAAUAUGGACAGUGAUGUUCAUAAUAAUUCUCCACCUAGCAAUGAUGAGGAUGUGGAGAUUGAACCUACGGUUAAUCCUGAUAAUCCACAACCUAAGAAGUACGACAAGAACGACUUCACUGCUAGGAAGCAUGGUAAAGAAAGAGAGCCAUGGGUUCAGAGACCUAUGCCCUUUCCUCCUAAGCCAUCCAAGAAAAAGGAUAGUGAGGAUUUUGAGCGCUUCGUUGAGAUGAUAACACUCGUCUUUCUGCAGAUGCGGUUAACUGAUAUGCUCAAGAUGUCUCCGUAUGCCAAGUACAUGAAAGAUAUCGUAACUAAUAAACGGAAGAUACCAAAUCUUGAGAUCUCCACCAUGCUUGCCAAUUACACUUUUAAAGGUGGAACUCCUAAGAAACUUGGUGAUCCCGGAGUGCCCACUAUACCUUGCUCUAUUAAAGGAAACUACGUAAGAACUGCCUUAUGUGACCUUGGAGCCGGUGUUAGUGUUAUGCCGCUCUCUCUUUAUCGUAGACUUGAGUUGGAUAAGUUGACACCCACUGAAAUUUCUCUGCAAAUGGCCGACAAAUCAACUGCUUUCCCUAUCGGCGUUUGCGAGGAUGUGUCUGUUGUGGUUGCUAAUACCACUAUCUUAACAGACUUAGUUAUCUUGGACAUUCCCGAGGACGAUGCCAUGGCUAUCAUCCUCGGAAGACCCUUUUUAAACACUGCAGGGGCUGUUAUAGAUUGCAACAAAGGCAAUGUCACUUUCCAUGUCAACGGUAAUGAGCACACAAUGCACUUUCUGAAGAAACGAUAUCAAGUACAUUGCAUCAAUGCUAUCGAAAAGACUUCAUCGAUUCUCAUUGGGAGCUUUGAAUGCCCUAUUCCUCGUGUCAAGAUGAAGUAUGAUUUUCUUGUUGGGGAUAUACAUAUCCCCAUUGAGGUGACUUAGUGGCUAUUCGAAAAUUUGCCGUUCUCUCUUGCGAUUCGAGAAGGUUUUGCCAUAAGGACUUGAUCAAUCCCAUUGACGGAUUUCUUUCGAUGACCAUGAAACGGAUGAAUCAAAGAGUCACAUACCUCCGUUUUGAGUUUUCCUUUUCUUUUGCUUAGAAGAAAAAAUGAUAGAAUUUGUUUAGUUUUUCCUGUUUUCUGUUUUAGCGUCCCGGAGAAAAAUACCUCGAAAAUAAAAGUUCUCCGAUGGUCUUGAAAAUUUAGUAUGAUUUUUUCUAUAAUUUUUGAAAAUUUCUCGGCCUGAGAGCUGGCCUGGGGGCCUGACCAGUGGGCCACAUGCCCUUGCUCCGCCACCACCCCCCUGGUGGCCUGGUGCAAGGUUGUGGGGCCCACAGGCACCCCCUCCACUCAUUCCAGCUCUCAGCCUCUUCUUCCACCUCCAGAAAAAAUUGUUUCGCAACACAAACCCGUGUUCUUGCUCAUUUGGUUGUGAUUUUCGAUCUCCUUGCUGAAAGCACCAUUCUUCGAACUGUUUUGGGGAAAUUGCUCCUUGGUAAGUGACUCCUCCAUUGGUCCAAUUAGUUUUUGCUCUAGUGCUUUAUCCUUCGCAUAUUCUUGCUACCUUGGUGACCCUGUUCUUGAGCUAGAAAUGUUUAUUUUAGCUGGUCCCAAGUAGUUUUAGCGCGUGAUACGGUCUCUAGGCACUAGUAGGAGUAGUUGCUACAAGUUGGGUUAAUCCUUAUUCACUUAUCUUUCGAAAUCUCUAAAAAUUUCAGAAUUUUUCAGAGCUAGAAAAAGGAAAAGAUGAGGAGGUUCUUGAGAGGCUCUUCAAGCCGUAACACCAAGGAGGAUGAGAAGAAUCACCCCAAGUACGUAGUCCCUCGAGUCACAGAAGUUCAAGUGUGCGAGUGGCCAAGUGAUGAAUUUUUGCGCGCCGUCGGACUUUAUGAAGACUUUUAUUACUUGGCGGAGAACGCAGCUCUUACUGCGUUCGUUGAAGAUAAGUGCCCACAAUAUCUCCUCCUCACCAAUAUUUUCGUUCAAAGCUUCAACUUUUAUCCGAGGAAGAAUCCUCCCAUGGUUGAGUUCAUGAUAUACGAUGUUCCCCAGUGCAUGACGCUGCAGGACUUUUGCAAUGUAUACAAAUUACCUUAUGUUGGGGAUAUCCGUGACCCUCGUCCACGGACUUGGAGGAUUUCAUUGGUUCUCUUUCUGUUGGAGAGGAGAGAGGAGUGUCUCGUGCUAGAAUUCCUAGAAUACAUUUUCCUGUGCUUCGGUACUUCUCACUAUUUGUGGGAAAAUGUUUGAUUGGCCGUGGGGAGGCUGGAUCACUUAGUUCUCCAGACCUUGCGGUUUUGCGCGAAGGCCUUUAUAACGAUAAGACUUAUAGCUUGGGCGCUAUAGUAGCUCAACGGUUGAUCUUGAACCGUUCUAAAGGUGUUGUCUAUGGAGGUAUCUAUGCUACCCGUCUUGCGAGACACUUUGAGAUACCCAUUAGACAAAGAGAGGAAGGAGAGAUGCUUCUCCCUGAGAGAUAUCUGGAUUAUGACAGCAUGGUUCGCCAUGAUUUUCUGGAUAGAGAUGCUAGUAGACGGAUGAUUUAAAACCUGGUGUUUAGCCACGGUACUCGAGAGACUAUUACUUUGCCUGCUCCUUCUUUGUUUGAUCUUCAUGCAGGCAGGUACACUAUUAUGCCCGUGGACAUCUACGCAUAUUGGGGCUUGGCCCAACCACACGCGCCCGUGCCCGAGCCGCCAGUCGAGUACCAGACGCCAGUUUAUCAGUGGGAACCAGAGGAGCUCACACAGCAGUGGCAUCCACAGUCUGCUCUGGAGUAUCCUGGAGCUGGUUAUUUCCCACCUUGGGAGUAGACCAAGCUAGGCCAAAAGCCUAAGCUUGGGGGAGUACAUGUUCUCACCGACUUUACAUUCAUGCUUAGGCUUUCACUUCGUUAGCCGGUGUUUACACUUUGCCACUGUAUUAUCCAUGCUAGUUUCUUUUCGUUUUCUUGUUUUCUUGUUUUGUGUCCUUUUGAGAAAACCCAAAAAGAUUUUUCUUUCUUCUUUUGCUUGUUGGGAGCUUUCCCGUGUAAAUAGCUUUGUUUUUCUUUGUGUCAAGGUAGAAGAUAUUGGUUCCAAUGUUUAGUGGUUCUUACAUGCUUACCUGUUUAGCUAUCAAAGAGCCAUAUUAUUUUGUCUUCUCCUUUGUGUUUGCCUGCAGAUUCAGCUUAGUCCAAUGCGCUUAUUAUCGUUUUCAUCGUUCGAUCGUGCAAAUGAAAGGCAACAAUGAUGAUAUAUGAUGAAGUGACUGAGACUGAAAAGCUGGUAUGAACUCUAUCUAUUUUGUUUUUGUAAAUAUGACUAGCUUGUCGACCCAGAUUUAGCUUUGUUGUGAGAGAACCAUGUUUGCAAUGACAACUUAGAGAUCAUAGUUUCUGAUGCCAUGCUUAUUUAGCUGAGAGCUUAUAAUGGUUUGUCUUGAAUGCCAACAUAGAUUUUGAGAUGACUAUGAUGUAGUAUGAUAGGAUGGUUGUCGGGGGGAUAACCCCGGGUAGGCUUAUCGAGCCUAUUCCUUCAUUUCUGGCCCAAUGGACAUGAACGUAUGCAGAUUCCCAAGUCCCAAGUCUUCUGGCCGGCUAGGCAUCACCUACCGGCUAGAGGACUUGGCGGCCAUCUUUCUGGUCGGCCAGGCAACCCUUGCCGGCUAGAGUCAAGGCGGCCUCCUCUUCUGAGCCGGCCUGGUCCCGGCAGCCGGACUGGGGAGGAGGUGGCCGCACUUAAGCCGGCUAGCCAAGCAGGCUAGCCGGCCGAGGAUCACAUGUCACAUCAGAUCGUAGGUCAGGAUAAGACCUCACGAUUAAAGGUAGCUACGCGUCAGCAAAGUACUGGAUCGGGGCGCCUGGCAGGUACGAGCGUCGGCCGCCACACCGCUGACCUACCCCGGCUCUGAUCCAUCACCUGGCAUAGUGUCGGACCGUCACACUCCCACUCCAUUACUGCACUCGGCACGGGGAACAGUGGAGGCGGCCGUACUACCUGCCAAUGAAGAAUGUCACGGGGCGACGCUUGACGUACAACGCGUGCUCGGCGUCAACCUUACAUGAGAGCCUCAUUGGCCAGCCAGCGGGUCCCAUAGGCAAUCGAGACCAUGCAACCGACGGGCCCCCCAGUGACAAGACAAGACUCGUGUGGGCCCCUGGCCAGCCGGCAAGGCUACCAGCCGGGUCCCACACUUGUACCCUUUAUCCAUAUUGUAGGCCGGCGGGUUCGUCUAUAAAACCCCCCGGUCACCCUUCAUGCAGGGGGGCCGAUCAUUCAUGAGUCAUUCAACACAACACAUUCACCAACCACAGAGAGGGAGGUAGAGACGAGCCGGCUGCUCCCCUCUUCCUCCUCCCAACACAGCUCGAGGAGCGACAUUGUACUCUAUUCAUACACAUCAAACACUCCGGUAGGAUUAGUGGUAUUAUCUCAACGGAGAGCCCUGAACCUAGGUACAUCGUGCGUCCCAUGCGUGUACCAACCUCGUUCCCAGCGUCCACCUUUGUCCCUUCGGUUCUCACCGACUUUAGCCUACCUAUGGCAUAUGUUGUGAGUAUUCACCGACAUUUGGCGCCCUUUUGGGGCCGAUCGCGGCAUCGGUUGGCUUUAUGCGCUGGGCGGGGCCCCGCACCUACACCACCGGAUGCAUAGCGUCCAGAUCAGUUUGCAUGCCCGUGGAGCCCGCUUUCGACGAGGCGACACCCAUGAUGAUCGACGUCCCCGUCCGCCAUGCGGAUUCGGACGAAGAUUCUGAUGACGAGGCGCUCCCUAGCAUCGUCGUCAUUGCUAUGGAGAACCUCAGCGUUCUCUUCAGCGACCUUCAUCUCAACGACGGUCCGCGCUACUUCGGUGAGGACUUCGACGUUGAGGCACUCUGCGCCAGCUUCAACAGGCUCUUUAUCGCUGAGAUGCCUGUCCACGACGUAUAUCCCAGUAACGUCCUCAUCUUCGACGGCCCUCCGCCGUCGGUGGGGUUCUUCACCCCAUACCACGUUGCUGCCGUCUCCAACACCGUGGAGGUGAUGGUUAUCGGCGUCAGAACUAGCACGGCUCCCAGCAAGGCCUCCGCAGGCGCUGGCGAGCCCGCUGCGGCCACCACUCAUACUCUUCGGGAUGCCAUCGCCGGCCUGAAGACACCCGUCACCACUUCUACAAACCCUGCUGACGCUCGGGCCUCGCUAGAGGCGGCUCGCAAACGUAUCUUGGAGGAGGGAAUCGCCGUAGCUUCGGCAAAACGUCGGUUGGAGGCUACGCAACGCGAGUAUAACUCCGCAUACGGUCUCACUCCGAUUUCCGAGGCCCCUAGCCGGCUUGGAUCGGUCCGCAGCCGCGGCCAGUUCGUCGCCGAGGUUCUAGGCGGUGAUCUGCCCACCUACGAGACUCCUAUGGCCAACAUGUGAGCGGCGCAGGCAGCCAUGAAGGAGAUGGCAAUCCUAGAAGGCGAGGAGCGCGCCUUCGAGGAGAAGCGGGUCAAGGACCUCCUUAACGCCGCCGACCAGCAACACGCCCGGCUUGACCCCAGUCAGGCUCAAUCGGAAUCUCCCGGACCCAACUCUGGGGCACGCCGCAACCCUAGUGGUCAGCAUCGCCCUUCCGGCCGGAGGGGCGAGGGAAGCCACGACCGGCGCUCUCAGCGCCUGAGCAAGCACACUUCGGGCUUACAUCGUGGAGGCGACGAGGGCGAUUCUGAGUGUGAGAUUCUUCCCUCGCGAAGAACUCAUGUCUCCGGCUCAUGAGGCGCCUCCCCUCUCGCCACCAGGGCCGGCGCUCACGCCACCCAGGAUGAGCGGGACGCCCGCCGGCGUCUCAUCGUCCUGGCCCAGUCAGCCCUCCUAGAGGAAGACGGACCCGUCGGUCCGGCAUGCUUCGGCCCCCGGAUCCGAGGGGAGCCGUUCCCCCGAAGAUUCACCCUACCUCGGGACACGCCAAAGUACAACGGCGCGGCCAAGCCAGAGGACUGGUUGAUUGACUACACGACGGCUGUCGGCAUCGCCAAGGGCAACAAGCGCGUACCAGUUUGCUACGUGCCACUCAUGUUGACCGGCUCGGCCCGGACUUGGCUUAACAACCUCCCAGCCGGCAGUGUCAACUCCUGGGUGGACUUCGAGGAGGCGUUCGUCCGCAACUUCACUAGCACCUACAAGCGCCCUGGCUGGCCCCGCGAGCUGUCCAUGUGCGUCCAGAAGGCCGACGAACCCCUUCGCGACUACGUCACCCGGUGGACUGAGCUCCGCAAUUCCUGCGAGGGGGUGCAUGAGGUACAAGCCAUCCAAUAUUUCAUCGACGGUUGUUGAGACGGCACCCUCCUCAAACACAAGCUCAUGUGCACCGAGCCCACCUACCUGGCGGUGCUCAUGGCCAAGGCGGACAAAUACGCCACGGCAGACUCAGCAAUGCGCGUCAAGGUGACCGCUUCGGACAAGGUUGUGCCUACGCCGGCUACUCCCAAGCCGGCUGGGGACAGCCGAGGCGGCCAGAACAACUAGAAGCGCAAGGCGGAUCAGAUGGAUCCCCGCUCGAACAACAAGUUGGUGGCCAGUGUGGAGGGCGAAGCGUCGGCCCCUCAAGCUGGCCCUCCACGAAAGCGUCCCAACCGGAGCAACACCAACUGGCUGCCCAAGCAAUCCUUCGAGCAUCUGCUCGACGCCCCAUGCAAGAUACAUUCUGGGGCGCAGCCGUCUACCCACACCCUUCGAUAGUGCAGCUUUGCACGCCGGCUGUCGCAAGGAGAUGGCUUGCCGGCUCCUCCAGGUGCGCAGGCGGUCCCUUCUGCACCGACUCCCAACCACGCUCCGGCUCCGCCACCCCCGCCUCGCGACGAUGGUCACCACCAAGACGACUACCCUCAUCAAGAUGGAGCGUUCAUCGUCUUCACCUGUGAAGGCGACAACAAGCACAGCCUGCGCCAGAGGCGGCGUGAGGUAAACGCCACAGUCCCCCCGGUUCCCCAAUACAUGCAUUGGUCUGACAAACCAAUCACUUGGAGCCGGGUGGACCAUCCUGUAGUGAUGCCCAACCCGGGAUCAUACGCCCUCGUCCUCGACCCCACCUUCGCCUCCAAAAGGCUCACCUGCCGAUUCUCCCGGGUGCUGGUUGACGGCGGCAGCGGCAUCAACAUACUCUACCUCGACACUCUCCUCAAGCUCGGGCUCAAGGAGACGGACAUCCUACCAACCAGUACCGUCUUCCAUGGCAUCGUGCCUGGGCAGUCCUGCUCGCUUAUCGGCAAGAUCCAGCUGGACGUCCUCUUUCGCGACAAAGCCCACUUCCGCCGAGAGUCCAUAUGGUUUGAGGUAGUGGACCUCAGUAGCCCGUAUCACGCGCUGCUGGGAAGACCGGCUCUGGCCAAGUUUAUGGCUAUUCUGCAUUAUGCCUACCUAAAGAUGAAGAUGCCGGGUCCCAAGGGCAUCAUCACUGUUGUUGGCGACUACAAGAAGUCGCUCGAGUGCGCCCAAGAUAGCAGUUGCCUCACCGACGCCUUGGUGAUUACUGAGGAGAAGCGGCAGACUGACCGGGUCGUGGCCCAGGCUACCGAGCAGUCGGCGAUUCCUUCUCCUCCGUCCCAAUCGGCCGACGAGGGCUCUUUCAAGCCGGCUAAAGAGAUCAAGCAGGUCCCACUCGACCCUGCCAACCCGAAGCAGUGCGUCACCAUCGGGGCUGGCCUCAGCCCCAAAUAGGAAGGCGAGCUCGUAGACUUCCUCCGUGAGAAUCGGGACAUAUUUGCAUGGUCCCCCAAGGACAUGUCGGGUGUUCCGAGGAAGUAUGCCGAGCACAAACUUCACGUGCGACCGGAUGCGAAGCCAGUGAAACAGCCCCUGCGCCGCUUCGCCGAUGGGAAUCGGCGCUCGAUCGGAGAAGAAAUCACCCGGCUCCUUGCAGCCGGCUUCAUCAUGGAGGUUUUCCACCCGGACUGGCUGGCUAACCCAGUCCUGGUGCUGAAGAAGAACAACAUGUUGCGAAUGUGUAUCGACUACACUAGCCUGAAUAAGGCCUGUCUGAAAGACCCUUUCGCGUUGCCUAGGAUAGAUUAAGUGAUCGACUCCACUAUAGGCUGCGAAUUGCUGUCGUUUUUGGAUGCUUAUUCACGCUACCAUCAAAUUAAGCUGGAUCCAGCUAAUCGCCUGAAGACCUCCUUCAUCACGCCCUUCGGGGCCUACUGCUACACCACCAUGACGUUCGGUCUGAAGAAUGCAGGUGCGACAUUCCAAUGCUGCAUGCAGCAGUGCGUACUGCCACAGAUUGGCAGGAACAUCCACGUCUAUGUGGAUGACAUCGUCGUCAAGACAAAGCAGCACUUCAGCCUCCUCGACGACCUGCGGGAGAUGUUCGCCAAUCUGCGCGAGUACAAGAUCCAGCUCAACCCCGAGAAGUGCGUCUUCGGGGUCCCAGGCAGCAAACUCUUGGGGUUCUUCGUAUCCGCCUGCGGCAUCGAAGCAAACCCUGAGAAGAUCGACACCAUCGAGCGGAUGGUGCGGCCGGCUCGGAUCCUCGACGUCCAAAAGUUCGUUGGCUAAUUGGCAUCCCUUAGCCGGUUCGUCAGCCGGCUUGGCGAGAAGGCCCUUCCACUCUACCAGCUCAUGAAGAAGACGACAAAGUUCGAGUGGAACGACCGGGCAGACGAAGCCUUCCGCAACCUCAAGCAGGUAAUCUCGAGCAUGCCGAUCUUGGCAGCCCCGUCUAAAAGGGAACCCAUACUCAUAUACAUCGCGGCGACCACUCGCGUGGUUAGUGUAGUGUUGGUAGUUCAGCGUAAAGAGGAAGGCAAGGCCCUGCCAGUGCAGCGCCCUGUCUACUACCUUAGCGAGGUCUUGUCCGCCUCUAAGCAGAACUACCCACAUUAUCAAAAAAUGUGUUAUGGUGUUUACCUUGCUGCAAAGAAAUUGAAGCAAUACUUCCAAGAGCAUGCCAUCACUAUAGUGAGCACUGCUCCGAUUUUAGAGAUCAUGGGCAACCGUGAUGCCACGGGUAGAAUUGCCAAAUGGUCCAUCGCCAUGGCGGAUCUUGAUAUUCAGUACGAGCCUCGCACCGCCAUCAAAUCGCAGGUGGUGGCCGACUUCUUAGUCGACUGGGCCGAGACCCAGUUUGAGCCACCGCCUCCAGACUCUACGCAUUGGCGAAUGUACUUCGACGGCUCGAAGAUGCGGACAGGACUGGGAGCCGGCAUCAUCUUGACGUCUCCGAAAGGGGACCAGCUCAAGUACGCUCUCCAGAUCCAUUUUGCCGCCUCCAACAACAUCGCCGAGUACAAAGCACUGGCUCAUGGCCUCCGGCUUGCCAAGGAGAUCGACAUCCGACGACUCAUAUGCUUCGGUGAUUCGGACUUACUGGUGUAGCAGGUCUCUGGCGAAUGCGACGCAAGGGACGCCAACAUGGCGAGAUAUCGCUUCCUGAUCCAGCAGCUCAGCGGUCCUUUCGAGGGUUGUGAGUUUCACCACGUUCCCAGGGCAGAAAAUGAGGCGGCCAAUACACUGGCGAAGAUCGGCUCCACGAGACAGGCCAUUCCAGCCGGCGUCUCCCUCGAGCAACUCCAUAAGCCGUCUAUCAAGCCAUCUCCCGAGCCGGCGUCGAUCUUUGUACCGGCCGACUCUACGAUGCAAGCGUCGUCGGCUCCGUCAGUUACGCCGGUUGCGGACCCCACGCCGGCUGCGCUGGCGGCGCCAACUCCAAAUACGGCACCGACUGAAUCCACGAUGCAAGCGCCGUCGGCUCCACCAACUACGCCGACGGCGGUUCCUAUACCGGCUCCAUUGGUCCCACCGACUCAAUGGCGGCGCCAGCUACAACAACAACCCCGGCUCUGCCCGGGCUCGAAUCCUCCCAGUGGGUGGACGUCAUGGAGGUAGACGGUGAGCCGACUAUGGUGACAGCACGAGAGACAUCAUCAAGCUCGGGGGCUGCAAAAGCCCCCAACGGUCAAGACGAAGCGGAGGCGGCCCUUGUGGCGGCUCCGUCAUGGGCUCAAGCUAUUCUGGCCUUCCUUCUUCGCAAAAAACUUCCUCAGAACAAGGCGGAGGCGAGACAGAUCCAGCAGAGAUCCGCCGCCUAUGCCAUCAUCAAUCGCGAACUGGUACGACGCAGCGUGACCGGCGUGUUCCAACGCUGCGUCGAGUCCGAAAAAGGGCAGGAAAUCCUCAAAGACAUCCAUGAGGGGGAGUGUGGGCAUCACGCUGCCUCCAGAACCCUGGUGGCCAAAGCAUUCCGUCAUGGAUUCUACUGGCCCACGACCCUCGAGGAGGCUGUGGAUCUGGUUGACAAGUGCGAAGGCUGCCAGCGCUUCAGCGCGCAAAGCCACAUGCCGCCUUCAGCCCUCAAAACCAUUCCCCUGUCAUGGCCAUUCGCCGUCUGGGGACUGGACAUGGUAGGGCCCUUUAAGAUGGCUCGUGGAGGGAUGACACAUCUUUUGGUGGCCGUCGACAAAUUCACCAAGUGGAUCGAAGCCAGACCUAUCAAAAAACUUGACGGCCCCACGGCGGUCAGGUUCAUCACAGACAUCUCUGUCCGAUAUGGCGUUCCCCAUAGCAUCAUCACCGACAAUGGCACCAACUUCUCCAAGGGCGCCCUAGCGCUCUAUUGUUCCAAGGUAGGCAUCCGGCUCGACUUGGCUUCAGUGGCACACCCUCAGUCGAACGGCCAAGCAGAGAGGGCCAACGGCCUGAUUCUAGCCAGCAUCAAGCCAAGGCUGGUGGCACCACUGGUCAGGUAAGCCGGCUGCUGGAUUGAAGAACUGUCGGGUGUACUAUGGAGCCUCCGCAGCACGCCCAACCGGUCGACCGGCUUCACUUCAUUCUUUCUGGUAUAUGGGUCUGAGGCUAUUAUUCCCACAGAUAUCGAGUCCGACUCGCCUCGGGUUACCCUAUACACAAAAACGGAGGCGAAGGAGGCCAGAGAAGACGGUGUGCAUCUCCUCGAAGAAGCGAGGGACUUGGCCUUGAGUCAGACGGCCAUCUAUCAACAGAAGCUGAGAUACUACCAUAGCAAAAAGAUCAAGCCUCUCUCUUUCAGGGAGGGAGACUUGGUCCUCAGAAGAAUCCAGCACACUGCUGGCCAGCACAAGCUCUCAUCCCCAUGGGAGGGACCCUUCAUCAUCAGUAGGGCGCUGCACAACAAUGCUUACUACCUGAUUGACGCCCAAAAGCCAAGGAAGCGCAAGAGGGACGACUCCGGCCAAGAAACGGAAUGUCCAUGGAACGCGGCGUUGCUUCGCCCGUUCUAUUGCUAAAAGGCAAAAGUCAAGCAAAGGAAAGAGCAUGCACAUGUAUGUUUCUCCCUCUUCAAGGAACAACAAAUGCAAUAAAAAGAGCAUGCUUCAUGUUUCUUUUUAUUGAGAGUUUUCACUCAGUGUACGCCCUCUGACUUGCUUCAAUAAGCUCGGGGGCUACACCGCGUACACCUCUUGCUGGCUUAAUCAAGCUCAGAGGCUACGCAGCGCACGCCCCUUGCUGGCUUUAACAAGCUCGGGGGCUCGCUAGCCGCUCGGACGCCUUCCCUAUUGUAAAAGAACACAUAGUGUAACCGGCUGAUCCCUGGUCACCUCGUACGAGCCUGUGGGCUGGCUCCGGCCGCCUGGUUUGCGAGGUGACGCCAGGUCAGGUCGGAUACAUGCAAAGUUCGGCUACAAAGGGUCGUCGGCUCGGGCUGGCUCGAUCAUAUAUACGAUUUCAUUCAAGUCGGCCUCUGAUUGGCUUAUGUCUUGUUCUUUAAGUCUUGAUGGCUUCGAAAAAAGGAGUCAACCAGGCAUCAAAAGACAAGGUCAUAAGACAACACGCUUAGCAUACGAAUAUAAUGCUGAAUAUAUACAUUCACAAAAGCAUUGGCCCACGUCCCACGUUCAUUACAUCCCUCAGGAGGUAGAAAAAACACAAAAGGACAUCGGCUACGGGGCUGCGGCCUCAUCGGUCACCCCGGCCGCUGCUCCUGAUGUGGUAGCAUCACCAUCUCCAGCUGCUCCCGAGGCGGUUGUGCCGUCUUCCUCGCGAGGUCUCCCGGCUCCGUCCACACAGGAGUCGGCGUACGCCGCACCGCUGGGGGCGGCAGCAGAUUCCGUAGCCCAGACCGCUUCGUCGGAGCUGCCGUCGGCGCAUAGGGCUAAAGGCCGUGCAGAUCUUCAGCGAUCACACCGCCAUCUUCACCCCGCUCCAAAACAAAGUCGUCCCAGGCUGCGUACUCGGCGACGGUGCUGGCCCUCACACGAAGCUCCUCCUCCAUGCCUUACAGCUCCGCCUCCGAGCCGUCGCGCUGGGCGGCCAGCUUGCCCAAGUUCAGGUUUCGGUACCAGGACUUGGCCAAGCGUAGGGCCAUGUAAGCCCCAGCCCGCGCAGCAGAGGCACACCAGGCAUCCAGGCGCUCCCCACCCACUUCAAGCCAGCGGGCGAGACGGCUCAUGGACGCCGGCUCCACGCCUUCCGGCCACAAGGCCGCCACCAUCGACGAGCCUGCGACCUGGAGUUGAGCCACAGACUCGCCUNGAUCUCCUCCACACUCCAGCUGGAGGUAGUGUCUACCUCCUGCCCGGCCGCGCGGCGCUCCUCACGGCACACCUCGACGGCGGUGUCGGCCGCGAUCUGGGUCUCGGGGAAGAGACCUGGAGUGACGGUAGCCAAGACGUAAGAGCACAGCAAAAGGAGGAGACUGCCAAAAAGACCAAACACAAGACAAGGAAGAGAGACCCACGAUGGAAGGCAUCGUUGGUCUCAUGGGAGACCUCGAGGACCUCGCGCUCCCGCACCUUACUCGCAUGAGUAAGGCGGGCAACGUCCUCCUAGAGAGUCGCUGCAGACUCCAAAGCCUUGGCCAGCUGCGUCUACUUCUGGACAAAGGCCUCCUCCUUCUCCCUCAAGGCGGCGUCCUUGAGGUGAAGCGACGCGAGGAGGUCCACGUCGGCAGAGUAGGAGGCCUCCUUCUCCUGCAGCAUGGCCCGCAGCCGCUCCAGCUCGGCCCGGGCGGCUGCCUCGAGCUCCUUCUUCUCCGCCUGAAGAAGGUCCAGCUGCCGCUGGAGCCGGCCGCCGGCGUUACGCAGGGCAUCACGCUCUGUGGCGGCCUCGCCCAGCCGGGCUUCAAGCUCAGCGAUCCGGCUAUCGGCCCCCAGGUGCUGGGUCCGUAGCUCGUUGUAUGCGUGUACCUGAGCAUCAUAAAGCGCUUGCCGAAAGAGCGAAAAAGAGAUCAGGAUUAAGAUUCGACCUGGUUAAGACUUAACCAACCCAAUUCUCGGGGGCUACACCGAGUGGGUGCGCUAGCGCGCCCCCACUAAAGAAAACUAUGCAGGGAAAAGGGCCUCCAAGAGAUUCGGAUCGGUCGACAAUCGACCCACCCGAUUCUCGGGGGCUACACCCAGUGGGUGCGCUGUCGCACCCCCACUAACGCCAAGAGAAGAGAAAAAAAUACAAAAAACCAAAGAAGGAAACACCUACCUGGGUGCGGGCCUCCAGGCGCUCCAUGUCGCUGCAUACCACGCGGGCCGACUGCUCCACCUUGGACCGGCUGCUAGAAAACAUCGUCACCUGCUCUGGUACGCCGGAAAGCACGGUACCGGCAGGCAGUCGCAAGUGGGUCAGGUUCGCCACCCGCCAUGUCCUCAUGGGCCGNNNNNNNNNNNNNNNNNNNNNNNNNNNNNNNNNNNNNNNNNNNNNNNNNNNNNNNNNNNNNNNNNNNNNNNNNNNNNNNNNNNNNNNNNNNNNNNNNNNNNNNNNNNNNNNNNNNNNNNNNNNNNNNNNNNNNNNNNNNNNNNNNNNNNNNNNNNNNNNNNNNNNNNNNNNNNNNNNNNNNNNNNNNNNNNNNNNNNNNNNNNNNNNNNNNNNNNNNNNNNNNNNNNNNNNNNNNNNNNNNNNNNNNNNNNNNNNNNNNNNNNNNNNNNNNNNNNNNNNNNNNNNNNNNNNNNNNNNNNNNNNNNNNNNNNNNNNNNNNNNNNNNNNNNNNNNNNNNNNNNNNNNNNNNNNNNNNNNNNNNNNNNNNNNNNNNNNNNNNNNNNNNNNNNNNNNNNNNNNNNNNNNNNNNNNNNNNNNNNNNNNNNNNNNNNNNNNNNNNNNNNNNNNNNNNNNNNNNNNNNNNNNNNNNNNNNNNNNNNNNNNNNNNNNNNNNNNNNNNNNNNNNNNNNNNNNNNNNNNNNNNNNNNNNNNNNNNNNNNNNNNNNNNNNNNNNNNNNNNNNNNNNNNNNNNNNNNNNNNNNNNNNNNNNNNNNNNNNNNNNNNNNNNNNNNNNNNNNNNNNNNNNNNNNNNNNNNNNNNNNNNNNNNNNNNNNNNNNNNNNNNNNNNNNNNNNNNNNNNNNNNNNNNNNNNNNNNNNNNNNNNNNNNNNNNNNNNNNNNNNNNNNNNNNNNNNNNNNNNNNNNNNNNNNNNNNNNNNNNNNNNNNNNNNNNNNNCACGGACCUGCCUCCGGCCAGCACUGCGGCGUCUCUUGACGCCGCAUGCUCGCUGUCCAGCUGGAGGACCUGGCGCCGGCCGCAUAGAGGCCGGCGGGGAAGCUGUGGCACCCUUGCCCUUCUUCCCGGCUGCCUCGUCAGCAGCGGUCACUCCGCCCCUUUGACGCCGGCCGCGCGUCAGUGGUGGGCUGGUGACCUCCUCCACCUCAUCAGACUCCUCCUCGAAGGCUGCACCAAAACAGAAUGAGGCUAUCUCGUUGUCGUCCGUCCAGUCUGCAACGGCGGGCCGUGCGUACUCACCAGACGACUCGGUUCCUUCCGACUCCAGGGGAUUCUCCGAGCCGGCGGAGGAGUCUGAGCGGGAUUCCAUCACGCCCUCGUCCUCAAUAUCCGAGACAUUGGACACCUCCACAUCGGGAGCGGGCGGAAGGAGGGACCCCUGCAGGGUCUCGAACAGCUACAGAAAAGAGUUCAACCAAAGGCUCAGCAACGCAACCGGCUUCAAGACAAAACAACAGAGAAGAAAGAGGCCACCUACCACCGGAGGCGGAUGAACCCUGUUGAACGGGGACAUCCCCCACGUCCAUUCCCCGCUCUCAUCCAUGCGGGCGAUGGAGAUCAGGUUCACCCUUCGCGCUAUAGCGCCCGGGGUGAACCUCUUGGUGGAUAGCCGGCAUAGAUCAUGUCGGCCGCCCAUCUGGCAAACCAGAUGCGGCCGCCUCUGCGGGGGUUGAAUCCGGCGGACAACCAUGGUGGUGAGAAGGUCGCGGCCGAGGAGGCCGCUCUUCUCCAAAAUGUCGAGGUGGGCACAGAUAAGCGCCACCUCAGGAUGUGGCUUGGGAGUCUUCGCAUCCCAGUUUCGCCGCGUCGGCAGGGCGAUGUCGAACGGGGGCAUGUUGAUGGCGUCCUGGGCUGGGUCGGCGCUCUUCACGUAGAAGAAACCCUUCUUCCAAUGCUUGAUGGAUUCUUGCAGAGGCAUCUGGGGGACGCCAGACUUCGAGCGAUGAUGCACCAAUGCGGCCCCGCACGGCGUCAUUGGGCGCGGCCCCGUGAGCUUCUCCACCUCGGAUUUCUCCAUGGCGAUGGAUUGCUGCUUAAAGAAGAACAGGCUGCGCCACAGAUCGACGCGAGGCUCGAUCCCCACGAAGCCCUCGCACAGGACCAUGAAGGCGGCAAGCUGCAGUAUGGCGUUCGGCGCCAGAUGAUGCGGCUGCAGGCCAAAGAAAUGCAGCCAUUCGGCGAAAAAAGAGCUAGCCGGGAGCCCGAAGCCCCGGUAGAAGUGCUCGACGUAGACCACGACCUCUCCCGCGGCGGGUGCAGGAGCGGUCUCGGCGCUGGGGAGGCGCACCAAUACUUGGGAGGCCGGGGGCAGCAGUCGAUGGUGACGAAGCGCUUCGAUGUGCCCCUCGUCAACGUCGCUACCCAACCAGGCUCCCUGUGAGGACGCCUUCUGCGUCGAGGACUUCUUCGAGGAAGAACCGCCGGCCAUGGCUGUGGGUGACAAGAGCUCGAAGUAGUCGGCGAUGUCGCGACGGCGAAGAUGAAGAGGGCGAAGGGCGCGAGCUCUUCUUCUCAGAGCGCAGGGAGGAAGAGAGCGCGAAUGCAGGGCGACAAGAGGGGGCGAAUGGCUUCCUCAGAACCCUCGCGUCCCAUUUAAACCCCCACGAAGCGUCAUGGGGAGGGGAUCCGGUGCGCACCGGGCCCCAUUAACCCCGUGUAUUACGGGCGGUAACGCGUCCCUAAGCCCAACUGCCGCGGAGUAAAUCCGCAGAGGAUCUCCCGCGCGGAGGCCGAGGGGGCGUCGUGGCGAGACCCAGAGCCCAGGCCCGGUCCCGUCAGCAGUAAUCGCCAUCAUUCCGCCAGGCGGGGCCUGGCACGUGGCGUUCUCCGAGCAAGUUACGACUAGACCGAGGCGUCGCUUCGAAGCCACCCGGUUUCGAAGCCGGCGUCCUUCGUCACGAAUAGAGGCCAAAAUAUCAAGACAAAUCAACAAGCCGGUGAGGCCGCCCACCCGCAGGCGGCAGACCUCGCCAGCUUCGGGGACUACUGUCGGGGGGAUAACCCCGGGGUAGGCUUAUCGAGCCUAUUCCUUCAUUUCCGGCCCAAUGGACAUGAACGUAUGCAGAUUCCCAAGGCCCAAGUCUUCUGGCCGGCUAGGCAUCACCUACCGGCUAGAGGACUUGGCGGCCAUCUUUCUGUUCGGCCAGGCAACCCUUGCCAGCUAGAGUCAAGGCGGCCUCCUCUUCUGAGCCGGCCAGGUCCCGCCAGCCGGACUGGGGAGGAGGCGGCCGCACUUAAGCCGGCUAGCCAAGAAGGCUAGUCGGUCGAGGAUCACAGGUCACAUCAGACCGUAGGUCAGGAUAAGACCUCACGAUUAAAGGUAGCUACGCGUCAACAAAGGUACUGGAUUGGGGCGCCCGGCAGGUACGAGCGUCGGCGGCAACGCCGCUCACCUACCCCGGUUCUGAUCCAUCACCUAGCAUAGUGUCGGACCAUCACACUCCCACUCCAUUACUGCACUCGGCGUGGGGAACAGUGGAGACGGCCGUACUACCUGCCCAUGAAGAAUCUCGCGGGGCGACGCUUGACGUACAACGCGUGCUCGGCGUCAACCUUACGCGAGAGCCUCAUUGGCCAGCCGGCGGGUCCCACAAGCAAUCGAGACCAUGCAGCCGGCGGGCCCCCCAGUGACAAGACAAGACUCUUGUGGGCCCCUGGCCAGCCGGGUCCCACACUUGUACGCUUUAUCCAUAUUGUAGGCCGACGGGUUCGUCUAUAAAACCCCCCGGUCACCCUCCAUGCAGGGGGGCCGAUCAUUCACCAGUCAUUCAACACAACACAUUCACCAACCACAGAGAGGGAGGUAGAGAUGAGCCGGCUCCUCCCCUCUUCCUCCCCCCAACACAGCUCUAGGAGCGACAUUGUACUCUAUUCAUACACAUCAAACACUCCGGUAGGAUUAGGGGUAUUAUCUCUGCGGAGAGCCCUGAACCUGGGUACAUCGUGCGUCCCAUGCGUGUACCAACCUCGUUCCCAGCGUCCACCUUUGUCCCUUCGGUUCUCACCGACUUUAGCCUACCUAUCGCAUAUGUUGUGAGUAUUCACCGACAAUGGUAUUCUCCUUUGAAUGUUUCAAGUGGCUUGACUUGACGCAUGUUCAUGCAUGUAGUUGAAACAAAAUCAACAUAGCCUCUGUGAUGUUCGUAUUCAUGGUGAUUUAUAUCCUGUUCAUGCUUGCAUUCAAUGGUAGUCAAACUCAUUGCAUCUUGAUGAUUGUUGUCGCUCUCUAGUUGGUCGCUUCCCAGUAUUUUGCUAGCCUUCACUUGUACUAAGCGUGAAUACUGCUUGUGCAUCCACUUCCAUAAACCCAAAAGUUUUCCAUGAGAGUCCACCAUACCUACCUAUUUGCGGUAUCUACCUGCCGUUCCAAGUAAAUUUGCAUGUGCCAUUCUCUAAACCUUCAAGAAAUAAUCUGUUUUGCAUGCCCGAACCGCUCAUGUGGUGAUAGAGGGCUAUUGGUAUCUUCCAUGAUAGGAGUGUUAUCCUCGACAUGUGUUUAUUCACAGUCAUUCAUGAGAAAGGGGCCGGUAUUUGGGAUGCCCAGUUCGACGCUUAAAUCGAAAACAUAACUGUAAAACAAGACUCCCCCCGGAUUGAUGUUAGUAUGGACGGUACCCGAGGAUUCGGCUAGCCAUGGUGUGUGAUUGGUUGGUGGUGGGGGAGUUAAAACUUUACUUUUCUGUUUGGGAACCGCCUAUAGCAUGAGUAGCAUGGAAGAUAUUGAGAACUCUUGGUCAUUGCGUUGACAAUGCAAGCAUGCCACCCAAAAUUAUUAUCUCUGUUUUCAAACCUUGCGCUCUGGCACCUGUGCAAAUCAAUGCUUCCCUCUGCGAAGGGCCUAUCUAUUUAUUUUCCGGUCGAGUCAUCCUCCUUUUAUAUAAGCACCAAUUAGAAAGCACAUCUGUCAUUUUUAUGCUUUGCUUUUGAUUGAUAUUGAGUAUGACUAUGACUGGAUAUUCGUUGCUAUGAAUUACAAUGUUUAGUCAGCCCUUGAUCUUUGAAAGUGCUCUGCAUUUAUGUUUUGCGGUCGCAGAAAGAGCUAGCGAGAUACCACCUAUUCAUAUUGCUUCAUGCUUGUUUUGAUUGAAGUGUUGGUAUUUGAAACACGUUAUUAUUUGCUCGUUAGCUGAUUAUGCCAUUGAUAUUAGUUUACCAUGAGACCAUUGUGUCAUUUGCUUUUGUGGUUAACUUGUGACCUUGCUGAAAUUCUGGUUAUGAAUUAGACAUAGUUGCAACAACAAGAUCAAACAGAGUUUGUCAAAGUUUUUCUUUCUCUCUCAGUUUGUCAACUGAGUUGCUUCAUGACAAGCAAGGUUCUAAGCUUGGGGGAGUUGAUACGUCUCCGUAGUAUCUACUUUUCCAAACUCUUUUGCCCUUGUUUUGGACUCUAAUUUGCGUGAUUUGAAUGGAACUAACCUGGACUGAUGUUGUUUUCAGCAGAAUUGCCUUGGUGUUAUUUUUGUGCAGAAAUCAAAGUUCUCCAAAUGUCCUGAAAAUUUACAGGGAGCAGUUUUGGAAAAUAUCCAAAAUAUCUGCGCCAAGUUCCACCUCAGGGGGUGGGCAAGUGGGCCACAAGCCCUUGCUCCGCCACCACCCCCCUGGUGGUGUGGUGGAGGCUUGUGGGGCCCACACGGCUCUUCCACCCCCAAUCUCAGGUCUAUAAGAUCCCUUUCGUCCCAGAAAAAAUAAAAAGAGAAGUCUUCGUCGCGUUUUCGAUACGGACGCGCCGCCACCGCCUGUUCUUUAUCUGGAGGGAAGAUCUGGAGUCCGUCUUGGACUCCGGAGAGGGGAAAUCGUCGCCAUCGUCAUCAUCAACCUUCUUCUCUCUCCAAUUCCAUGAAGCUCUUCGUCGUUCGUGAGUAAUCUAUUCGUAGGCUCGCUGGGCGGUGAUGAGUAGGAUGAGAUCUAUCAUGUAAUCGAGUUAGUUUUGAUGGGGAUUGCUCCCUAGUAUCCACUAUGUUCUGAGAUUGAUGUUGCUACUACUUUGCCAUGUUUAAUGCUUGUCACUAGGGCCCGAGUGCCAUGAUUUCAGAUCUGAAAUUAUUAUGUUGUCACCAAUAUAUGUGUGUUUUAGAUCCGAUCUUGCAAGUUGUAGUUACAUACUAUGUGUUAUGAUCCGGCAACCCCGGAGUGACAAUAACUGGAACCACUCCCGGUGAUGACCAUAGUUUGAGGAGUUCAUGUGUUCACCAAGUGCUAAUGCGUUGGUCCGGUUCUUUAUGAAAAGGAGAACCUUAAUAUCCCACAGUUUCCUUUUGGACCCCGCUGCCAUGGGAGGGAUGGACAAUAGAUGUCAUGCAAGUUCUUUUCCCUAAGAAGGUAUGACGACACACGGAAUGCAUGCCUACAUCACAUUGACGAACGGGAGCUAGCCACAUAUCUCUCCGUGUUAUAGCUGUUGCAUGAUGAAUAUCAUCCAAACAAAUCACCGACCCAUUGCCUACGAGUUUGUCCUACUGCUGCUGCUACUACUAUUGCUACUACUGAUGUUACUUGUCUUGCUCUGCUGCUGCUGCUACUACUGUUGCUACUACUGUUACUUGUCUUGCUCUGCUGCUAUUGUUGCUACUACUGUCGCUUGCUACUCUUGCUACUUGCUACUGCUGUCACUACUGCUGUUCCUUGCCACUACUAUUACUCGUUACACUGCUGCUACCUGCUACACUGUUGGUUCACCGGCCGUUGACGGGAACUGACAACUUCCGUCAACGCGGCAACGGAGGCGCCAUUGAUACGAUCGUUAGGAAUAGUCUGCCGUCAACAGAUCAUUUCUGACACCGUUGUUAUCAUACUACUUUGUUGUUACUACUAUGCUUGCAAAUACUAAUCUUUCAGGUGUGGUUGAAUCCGACAAAUUCAGCUGCUAAUACUCGAGAGUAUUCUCUCACCUCCCGACUGGCUUAUGAACAAAUUGGGUCGAAUACUCUACCCUCGAAAACUACUGCGAACCCACUUGCUGGUGGGCCGUCAACAACAUUCUUCUAGUUUCAUUACUGGGGAGUGCUAUCAGCAUUCUUCUGGUGCUGUUGCAGGAGAAGGUUCGUUGUCAUAAGCAUUCGUCUAGCUAACGCCAGAGAUUGCAGAUCAGUUCUCCACUCAUCAAGCGAGCUAAUAUCAAAUAACCUCUUCUCACCGGCAAGUUUGGAAUCAAAGUUGAGCUCGUUGAUUGCCCAAUAAGCUUUAUGCUCUAUCUCAAGAGGUAAAUGACAUGCUUUACCGUACACCAUUUUCUACGCAGACAUGCCCAUGGGAUUCUUAUGGGCAGUUCUAUAAACCCAAAGUGCAUCAUCGAGCUUCUUAGACAAAUUCUUUCCAGACCUGUUGACAGUCUUUUGCAGAAUCAGUUUAAUCUCUCUAUUACUUAGCUCUACUUGACCACUGCACUGAGGGUGAUAGGGAGACGCAAUUCUAUGGUUGACAUCGUACUUAGCAAGCGUUUUACGGAAAGCGCCAUGAAUGAAGUGUGAACCACCGUCAGUCAUUAGAUAUCUAGGGACUCCAAAUCUAGGGAAGAUAACUUCUUUCAGCAUCCUGAUAGAGGUGUUGUGAUCAGCACUACUAGUGGGGAUAGCUUCUACCUACUUAGUGACGUAAUCAACAGCAACUAGGAUAUGAGUAUACCCGUUGGAUUUGUGAAAAGGUCCCAUAUAAUCAAAGUCCCAAACAUCAAAUGGUUCAAUGACAAGUGAAUAGUUCAUAGGCAUUUCCUGAUGUUUGCUAAUAUUACCUAUUCUUUGACAUUCGUCACAAGACAAGACAAACUUACGGGCAUCCUUGAAGAGAGUGGGGCCAAUAGAAACUUGAUUGCAAUACCUUGUGUGCAGUUCUAUCUCCCGCAUGGUGUCCUCCGUAGGCCUCGGAGUGACACUUCUGUAGGAUUUGUCCCUGUUCAUGUUCAGGUACACAACGUCUAAUAACACCAUCUACUCCUUCCUUACAAAGGUGAGGAUCAUCCCAAAACUAGUGUCUCAAGUCAAAGAAGAAUUUCUUCUUUUGCUGGUAUGUGCAACUAGGUGGUAUAUAUUUGGCAACGAUAUAGUUUGCAUAAUCAGGAUACCACGGUGCACUACGUGAAGCAUUGAUGACUUUCAGUUUCUCAUCGGGAAAGUUAUCAUCAAUAGGUUGUGGGUCAUCAAGAACGUUCUCCAACCUAGACAAAUUAUCUGCUACGGGGUUAUCAGCACCCUUCCUGUCGACAACGUGCAAAUCAAAUUCUUGUAGCAAGAGAACCCAUCUGGUAAGUCUAGGUUUAGUGUCCUUCUUCUCCGUGAGGUACUUAAUAGCAGCGUGAUCAGUGUGAAUAGUGACUUUGGAAUCAACUAUGUAAGACCUGAACUUUUAACCUCAAACACGACUUCUAAAAAUUCCUUCUUCGUAGUAGCAUAGUUUCUGUGGGCACUUGAUACAUCUCCAACGUAUCUAUAAUUUUUUAUGGUUCCAUGCAAUUAUCUUGUCAAACUUUGGAUGUUUUAUAUGCAUGAAUAUGCUAUUUUAUAUCUUUUGGGGGAUUAACCUAUUAACUCAGUGCCAAGUGCCAGUUUCUAUUUUUCCCGUGUUUUUGACCCUUUUUCAGAUAGAGUCCAAAUGGAAUGAAACUUUACGAUGAUUUUUUUGGGACCAAAAGAGACCCCCGAAGCUUUGGAAGAAGGCCAGAAGAGCCACGAGGGAGUCACAAGCCCAUGGGGCGCGGCCUACCCCCCUGGUCGCACCGUGCGGGCUUGUGACCUCCUCGUGGGCCCAACUAACGCAAUUCCACCGCCAUAAAUUCCUAUAAAUUCGGAAACCUCCAAAAAUAAACCUAGAUCGGGAGUUCCGCCGCCGCAAUCCUCUGUAGCCACCAAAAACCAAUCGGGAGCCCGUUCCAACACCUUGUCGGAGGGGAAUCCAUCUCCGGUGGACAUCUUCAUCAUCCCGACGAUCUCCAUGACGAGGAGGGAGUAGUUCUCCCUCGGGGGUGAGGGUAUGUACCAGUAGCUAUGUGUUUGAUCUCUCUCUCUCUCGUGUUCUUGAGAUGUCUUGAUCUCGAUGAACCGUGGGCUUUGCUACUAUAGUUGGAUCUUCUGAUGUUCUUCCCCCUCUCCCUUCUUGUAAUGAAUUGAGUUUCCCCUUUGAAGUUAUCUUAUCGGAUUGAGUCUUUGAGAACACUCGAUGUAUGUCUUGCACGUGUCUAUCUGUUGUGAUCAACUUGCGGGUUUGUGACAAUUGGGAACCUAUGCAUAUGGGUUGGCACACGUGGAUUCAUGUGAGUACUCGAUGUAUGUUUUGGUGAUCAACUUGCGGGUUCGUGACAUUGGGAACCUAUGCAUAGGGGUUGGCACACGUUUUGACUCUCCGGUAGAAACUUUGGGGCACUCUUUGAAGUUCUAUGUGUUGGUUGAAUAGAUGAUUCUGAGAUUGUGUGAUGCAUAUCGUAUAAUCAUGCCCACAGAUACUUGAGGUGACAAUAGACUAUCUAGGUGACAUUAGGGUCUUGGUUGAUAUGUAUCUUAAGGUGUUAUUCGAGUACAAACUCUUGAAUAGAUCGAUCAGAAAGAAUAACUUUAUGGUGGUUUCGUACCCGACAAUAAUCUCUUCGUUUGUUCUCCGCUAUUAGGGACUCUUUGUUGCAUGUUGAGGGCUAGUUAUAUAAUCGAAUUAUGUUAUCUUUGUUGAGAGAACUUCACUAGUGAAAGUAUUAACCCUAGGCCUUGUUUCCACGCAUUGCAAUACCGUUCGUGCUCACUUUUGUUACUUGUUACCUUGCUGUUUUUGUAAUUUCAGAUUACAAAAACCUAUAUCAACCAUCCAUAUUGCACUUGUAUCACCAUCUCUUCUCCGAACUAGUGCACCUAUACAACUUACCAUUGUAUUGGGUGUGUUGGGGACACAAGAGACUCUUUGUUAUUUGGUUGCAGGGUUGCUUGAGAGAGACCAUCUUCAUCUUACGCCUCUCGCGGAUUGAUAAACCUUAGGUCACCCACUUGAGGGAAAAUUGCUAUUGUUCUACAAACUUCUGCACUUGGAGGCCCAACAACGUCUACAAGGAGAAGGUUGGGUAGUAGACAUGAAGCAUUUUUCUGGCGUUGUUGCUAGGGAGGCUAGGUAAGCGGCACUCACCUCCCGUCAACGAAGCAUUUUUUUGGCGCCGUUGCCGGGGAGGUUAGCGCUUGAAGGUAUAUCUUUAGAUCUUGCAAUCGAAUCUUUUUGUUUACUGUUCUUUUGCUAGAAAAGUACAAAAAAGUGGAAUUGAGGAUGCCUCAUAUACUCCAUCUUUUCAUUGUCUUUCGUGAGCAUGAUGGGAAGGAAAAUUGUGCUCAAGUGCUGAAAGAAGAAUUAUGUAAAAUGCUUGGCAUAUAAUAUGUGAAUGGUGAGCAUGAUUGCAAUGUUCUUAGCAUGAAUUCUUUGAAUACCCAUGAUGCUAAUGAUAUGCAAAGCCACAAGCUUGGAGAUGCUAUAUUUGAUGAAGAUGAUCUUUUUAGUUCUUCCACUUGGAAUGAUCAAAAUCAUUUUGAUGAAAGCAUGCCCCCUAUCUAUGAUAAUUAUUGUGAGGAUAAUUAUGCUUUGAAGAAGAGGGAUGAUAAAACUUGUCAUACUUUCGAAAACCCCUUUGCUAAACCUUGCUUUUUCAUUGUGGACACAAUUUGUAGUGCUCAAGUAUUUUACGAUACUCCCACUACUAUUCUUGAGAAUAGAUUUCCUUACGUGGAGAGUAGUAAAAUUCCUAUGCUUGUAGAUCAUGAAAAGAAAGCCUUAGGUGCUGGUUAUAUUGUUGAAUUCAUUCAUAAUGCUACUGAAAAUUACUAUGAGAGAGGAUCAUAUGCUUCUACUUAUUGCAAUAGUAUCAAGCUUCCUCUCCAUGUGUUGAAAUUUUUGAAGCUAUGCUUGUUUUGCCUUCCUAUGCUAGUUGAUUCUUUCUCCAAUAAAUUGUUUGAUCACAAAAUCCCUAUGCAUAGGAAGUGGGUUAGACUUAAAUGUGCUAGCCACAUGCUCCAUGAUGCUCUCGUUGUGUUUCAAUCCUUACAUUUUAUGUGAGCAUCAUUGAAAUCAAUGCCUAGCUAAGGACGUUAAACAAUAGCGCUUGUUGGGAGGCAACCCAAUGAAUUUAUUUUUGCUUUUUUCUUUCUGUUUUGUUUUUUCCACACCAUCAUAAUUCUGGUAUCAUUGUGUUUUUUGUGUUUCUUUUUGUGUUUGUGCCAACUAAAGCCUUUAUGAUAGCUUGGGUGAUAGUUGUUUGAUCAUGCUGGAAAAAGACAGAAACUUUCUGCUCACGAAAUUAUUUUUCAUUUCUAUUCAGAAAGAGAUUUUGAGUUUAUUCUUUUUGCUGCUGAUUGAUAUACUUUUUUUCCAGGCCGUCGCAAUUGUUCAGAUUUUUUCAGGUACCAGAAGUAUCCAAAGUAUACAGAUUACUACAGACUGGUCUGUUUUUGACAGAUUCUGUUUUUGUUGAGUUGGUUGCUUGUUUUGAUGAAACUAUGGUUAGUAUCAGGGGGUACUAGCCAUGGAAAAGUGAGAAUACAGUAGCCCAUCAUCAAUAUAGAUAGAAUUCAAGUUUGCUACAGUACCAAAACAAGUGGUAGUUCAUUUCCUUGUAGUAAUGUUAUCACAAGUUUCUGUUUAAGUUUUGUGUUGUGAAGUUUUCAAGUUUUGGGUGAUGUUCUCAUGGACAAAGAGAUAAGGAGUGGAAAGAGCCCAAGCAUGGGGAUUCCCAAGGCAUCCCAAGCCAAAUUCAAGGACACCAAAAAGCCUAAGCUUGGGGAUGCCCCGGGAAGGCAUCCCCUCUUUCGUCUUCAAUCCAUCGGUAACAUUUCUUGGAGCUAUAUUUUUAUUCACCACAUGAUAUAUGUUUUGCUUGGAGCGUCUUGUAUCUUAGGAGUUUUUUCUUUUUGUUUGGUCACAAUAAUCCUUGCUGCACAACUUUUUGAGAGAGAAAUACAUGCACUCAUCGUGAUUUUGCUAGAAAGCUCAUUCUGCUUCACUUAUAUCUUUUGAGCUAGAUACUUUUGCUCUUGUGCUUCACUUAUAUCUUUUGAGCUAGAUUAUUUUGCUCUUGUGCUUCACUUAUAUCUUCAGAGCACGGCGGUGCGUGACUUGGUAGUUGGCUUAUGCUAUGAAAGUAGUACCAAAUGUGAUAGGUGCCCAAAGAGGAUACAAAAAGCUCCAUCUUCAUGUGCAUUGAAUAGAAAGAGAAGUUUUGAUUCCUCUCAAUUAGUUUUGAGACGUGGAUUCGGUAAUAUUAAUAGUUGCGUUAGUAAGGUGUUGUGAAUCUAGAAAUACUUGUGUUGAAGUUAGUGAUUCCCGUAGCAUGCACGUAUGGUGAACCGCUACGUUAGGAAGUCAGAGCAUAAUUGAUCUAUUGAUUGUCAUCCUUUGUGUUGAGGUCGGGAUCGCGCGAUGGGUUACACCUACCAACCCUUCCCCUCGGAGUAUGCGUUUAGCACUUUGUGUUUGAUUACUAAUAAAAACAUUCGCAAUAAGUAUGUGAGUUCUUCAUGACUAAUGUGAGCCCACGGUAUACAUGCACUUUCACCAUCCACCAUUGCUAGCCUCUCUAGUGUCGCGCAAUUCUCGCCGGUAUUCAAACCCACCAAAUUCCUUCCUCAAAACAGCCACCAUACCUACCUACUAUGGCAUUUUCAUAGUCAUUCGAGAUGUAUUGCCAUGCAACUCCCACCGUUCCGUCUCAUGACUUGUGCCGUCACUCUCAUAUUGCCAUUGCAUGAUCGUAAGAUAGCUAGCGAGAUGUUUUAAUGUCAUACGCCAUGCUAGAUCGUUGCACAUCCCGGUACACUGGCAGAGGCAUUUCCUGUGGAGUCAUCAACACUGUGAUCUUUGAGCUGUGAGUAAAUAAAAGUGUCAUGAUCAUCAUUAUUAGAGCAUUGUCCCAUGUGAGGAAAUAAAAAAAAGGCCAAAGAGCCCAAAAUCAAAAAGAAAAAAAAGCAUUCCUAAGAGCCCAAAUGAAAAAAAAGAGAAAAAGAGAGAAGGGACAAUGCUACUAUAUUUUUCCACACUUGUGCUUCAUGUUAGCACAUUGUUCUUGAUGAUUGAGAGCUUCUUGCUUUGUCACUACCAUAUGCUAGUGGGAAUCUUCAUUAUAUAACUUGGCUUGCAUAUUCCAAUGAUGGGCUUCCUCAAAAUUGCCCUAGGUCUUCGUGAGCAAGCAAGUUGGAUGCACACCCACUAGUUUUCCUUUUGAGCUUUCACAUACUUAUAGCUCUAGUGCAUCUCUUGUAUGGCAAUCCCUACUCAUUCACAUUGAUAUCUAUUAAUGGGCAUCUCCAUAGCCUUUUGAUACACCGAGCCAAUGUGACCAUCUCCUCCUUUUUGUCUCACAACCACCACCAUACUCUAUUCUACCUAUAGUGCUAUAUCCAUGGCUCGCGCUCAUGUAUUGCGUGAUAGUUAUAAAAAGUUUGUGAAAGUAAGAGUGCGAAAACAAUUACUUGGCCAAUACCGGGGUUGUGCAUGAUUUCCAUUAGUUGUGUGAGGAUGAUGGAGCAUAGCCAGACUAUAUGAUUUUGUAGGGAUAACAUUUUUUGGCCUUGUUAUUUUGAAAGUUCAUGAUUACUUUGCUAGUUGUCUUGAAGUAUUACCGUUUUCAUGUCAAUAGCAAACUAUUGUUUCGAAUCUUACGGAUCUGAACAUUCAUGUCACGUGAAAGAAGUUGCAAAGGACAACUAUGCUAGGUAGCAUUCCACAUCAAAAAUUCAUUCUUUUUCACUUCCCUACUCGAGGACGAGCACGAGUUAAGCUUGGGGAUGCUUGAUACGUCUCCAACAUAUCUAUAAUUUUUGAUGGUUCCAUGCUAUUACCUUGUCAAACUUUGGAUGUUUUAUAUGCAUGAAUAUGCUAUUUUAUAUCUUUUUUGGGAUUAACCUAUUAACUCAGUGCGAAGUGCCAGUUUCUGUUUUUUCCGUGUUUUUUACCCUUUUUUAGACGGAGCCCAAAUGGAAUGAAACUUUACAAUGAUUUUUUUGGACCAAAAGAGACCCCCGAAGCUUUGGACGAAGGCCAGAAGAUCCACGAGGGAGUCACAAGCCCAUGGAGCGCGGCCUACCCCCCUGGUCGCACCGUGCGGGCUUGUGACCUCCUCGUGGGCCCAACUGACGCAAUUCCACCGCCAUAAAUUCCUAUAAAUUCAGAAACCUCCAAAAAUAAACCUAGAUCAGGAGUUCCGCCGCCGCAAGCCUGUGUCGCCACCAAAAACCAAUCGGGAGCUCGUUCCGGCACCCUGUCGGAGGGGGAAUCCAUCUCCGGUGGCCAUCUUCAUCAUCCCGGCGAUCUCCAUGACGAGGAGGGAGUAGUUCUCCCUCGGGGCUAAGGGUAUGUACCGGUAGCUAUGUGUUUGAUCUCUCUCUCUCGUGUUCUUGAGAUGUCUUGAUCUCGAUGUACCGUGGGCUUUGCUACUAUAGUUGGAUCUUCUGAUGUUCUUCCCCCUCUCCCUUCUUGUAAUGAAUUGAAUUUCCCCUUUGAAGUUAUCUUAUCGGAUUGAGUCUUUGAGAACACUUGAUGUAUGCCUUGCACGUGUCUAUCUGUUGUGAUCAACGUGCGGGUUUGUGACAAUUGGGAACCUAUUCAUAUGGGUUGUCACACGUGGAUUCAUGUCAGUACUCGAUGUAUGUUUUGGUGAUCAACUUGCGGGUUCGUGACAUUGGGAACCUAUGCAUAGGGGUUGGCACACGUUUUGACUCUCUGGUAGAAACAUUGGGGCACUCUUUGAAGUUCUAUGUGUUGGUUGAAUAGAUGAUUGUGAGACUGUGUGAUGCAUAUCGUACAAUCAUGCCCACGGAUACUUGAGGUGACAAUGGAGUAUCUAGGUGACAUUAGGGUCUUGGUUGAUAUGUAUCUUAAGGUGUUAUUCUAGUACGAACUCUUGAAUAGAUCGAUCAGAAAGAAUAACUCUAUGGUGGUUUCGUACCCGACAAUAAUCUCUUCGUUUGUUCUCCGCUAUUAGUGACUUUGGAGUGACUCUUUGUUGCAUGUUGAGGGCUAGUUAUAUGAUCCAAUUAUGUUAUCUUUGUUGAGAGAACUUCACUAGUGAAAGUAUGAACCCUACGCCUUGUUUCCACGCAUUGCAAUACCGUUCGUGCUCACUUUUGUUACUUGUUACCUUGUUGUUUUUGUAAUUUCAGAUUACAAAAACCUAUAUCUACCAUCAGUAUUGCACUUGUAUCAACAUCUCUUCGCCGAACUAGUGCACCUAUACAACUUACCAUUGUAUUUGGUGUGUUGGGGACACAAGAGACUCUUUGUUAUUUGGUUUCAGGGUUGCUUGAGAGAUACCAUCUUCAUCCUACGCCUCCCGCGGAUUGAUAAACCUUAGGUCACCCACUUGAGGGAAAAUUGCUAUUGUUCUACAAACCUCUGCACUUGGAGGCCCAACAACGUCUACAAGGAGAAGGUUGCGUAGUACACAUCAAGCAUUUUUCUGGCGCCGUUGCUAGGGAGGCUAGGUAAGCGGCACUCACCUCCCGUCAACGAAGUAUUUUUCUGGCGCCGUUGCCGGGGAGGUUAGCGCUUGAAGGUAUAUCUUUAGAUCUUGCAAUCAAAUCUUUUUGUUUCUUGUUCUUUCGCUAGAAAACAAAAAAAUAGAAUUGAGGAUGCCUCAUAUGCUCCAUCUUUUCAAUGUCUUUCGUGAGCAUGAUGGGAAGGAAAAUUGUGCUCAAGUGCUUAAAGAAGAAUUACAUAGAAUGCUUGGCAUAGAAUAUGUGAAUGAUGAGCAUGAUUGCAAUGUUCUUAGCAUGAAUUCUUUUAAUACCCAUGAUGCUAAUGAUAUGCAAAGCCACAAGCUUGGGGAUGCUAUAUUUGAUGAAGAUGAUCUUUUUAGAUCUUCCACUUUGAAUGAUCAAAAUCAUUUUGAUGAAAGCAUGCCGCCUAUCUAUGAUGAUUAUUGUGAGGAUACUUAUGCUUUGAAGAAGAUGGAUGAUAAAAUUUGUCAUACUUUCGAAAACCCCUUUGCUAAACCUUGCUUUUUCAUUGUGGACACAAUUUGUAGUGCUCAAGUCUUUUACGAUACUCCCACUACUAUUCUUGAGAAUAGAUUUCCUUAUGUGGAGAGUAGUAAAAUUCCUAUGCUUGUAGAUCAUGAAAAGAAAGCCUUGGGUGAUGGUUAUAUUGUUGAAUUCAUUCAUGAUGCUACUGAAAAUUACUAUGAGAGAGGAUCAUAUGCUUCUACUUAUUGCAAUAGUAUCAAGCUUCCUCUCCAUGUGUUGAAUUUUUGAAUCUAUGCUUGUUUUGCCUUCCUAUGCUAGUUGAUUAUUGCUCCAAUAAAUUGUUUGAUCACAAAAUCCCUAUGCAUAGGAAGUGGGUUAGACUUAAAUGUGCUAGCCACAUGCUCCAUGAUGCUCUCGUUGUGUUUCAAUCCUUACCUUUUAUGUGAGCAUCAUUGAAAUCAAUGCCUAGCUAAGGACGUUAAACAAUAGCGCUUGUUGGGAGGCAACCCAAUGAAUUUAUUUUUGCUUUUUGCUUUCUGUUUUGUUUUUCACACACCAUCAUAAUUCUGUUAUGAUUGUGUUUUUGUGUUUCUUUUUGUGUUUGUGCCAAGUAAAGCCUUUAUGAUAGCUUGGGUGAUAGUUGUUUGAUCAUGCUGGAAAAAGACUGAAACUUUCUGCUCACAAAAUUAUUGUUCAUUUCUAUUCAAAAAGAGCUUUUGAGUUGAUUCUUUUUGCUGCUGAUUGAUAUGCUGUUUGCCUAGACCUUCGUAAUUUUUAAGAUUGUUUGAGGUACCAGAAGUAUACCAAGUAUACAAAUUGCUACAGACUGGUCUGUUUUUGAAAGAUUUUGUUUUUGUUGAGUUGGUUGGUUGUUUUGAUGAAACUAUGGUUAGUAUCAGGGGGUACAAGCCAUGGAAAAGUGAGAAUACAGUAGCCCAUCACCAAUAUAGAUAGAAUUCAAGUUUUCUACAGUACCAAAAGAAGUGGUAGUUUGUUUUCUUGUAGUAAUGUUAUCACAAGUUUCUGUUUAAGUUUUGUGUUGUGAAGUUUUCAAGUUUUGGGUGAUGUUCUCAUGGACAAAGAGAUAAGGAGUGGUAAGAGCUCAAGCUUGGGGAUGCCCAAGGCAUCCCAAGCCAAAUUCAAGGACACCAAAAUGCCUAAGCUUGGUGAUGCCCCGGGAAGGCAUCCCCUCUUUCGUCUUCAAUCCAUCAGUAACGUUACUUAGAGCUAUAAUUUUAUUCACCACAUGAUAUGUAUUGUUCUUGGAGCGUCUUGUAUCUUAGGAGUUUUUCCUUUUUGUUUGGUCACAAUAAUCCUUGCUGCACACCUUUUUGAGAGAGAGAGAGAUGCACUUAUCGUGAUUUUGCUAGAAUGCUCAUUGUGCUUCACUUAUAUCUUUUGAGCUAGAUACUUUUGCUCUUGUGCUUCACUUAUAUCUUUUGAGCUAGAUACUUUUGCUCUUGUGCUCCACUUAUAUCUUGUGAUCAACUUGCGGGUUUGUGACAAUUGGGAACCUAUGCAUAUGGGUUGGCACACGUGGAUUCAUGUGAGUACUCGAUGUAUGUUUUGGUGAUCAACUUGCGGGUUCGUGACAUUGGGAACCUAUGCAUAGGGGUUGGCACACGUUUAGACUCUCCAGUAGAAACUUUGGGGAACUCUUUGAAGUUCUAUGUGUUGGUUGAAUAGAUGAUUCUGAGAUUGUGUGAUGCAUAUCGUAUAAUCAUACUCAUGGAUACUUGAGGUGACAAUGGAGUAUCUAGGUGACAUUAGGGUCUUGGUUGAUAUGUACCUUAAGGUGUUAUUCUAGUACGAACUCUUGAAUAGAUCGAUCAGAAAGAAUAACUUUAUGGUGGUUUCGUACCCGACAAUAACCUCUUCGUUUGUUCUCCGCUAUUAGUGACUUUGGAGUGACUCUUUGUUGCAUGUUGAGGGCUAGUUAUAUGAUCCAUUUAUGUUAUCUUUGUUGAGAGAACUUCACUAGUGAAAGUAUGAACCCUAGGCCUUGUUUCCAUGCAUUGCAAUACCGUUCGUCCUCACUUUUGUUACUUGUUACCUUGCUGUUUUUGUAAUUUCAGAUUACAAAAACCUAUAUCUACCAUCCAUAUUGCACUUGUAUCGCCAUCUCUUCGCCGAAGUAGUGCACCUAUACAACUUACCAUUGUAUUGGGUGUGUUGGGGACACAAGAGACUCUUUGUUAUUUGGUUGCAGGUUUGCUUGAGAGAGACCAUCUUCAUCCUACGCCUCCUGCGGAUUGAUAAACCUUAGGUCACCCACUUGAGGGUAAAUUGCUACUGUUCUACAAACCUCUGCAGUUGGAGGCCCAACAACGUCUACAAGGAGACGGUUGCGUAGUAGACAUCAGCACUGUCUAGAGUUUUACUAGCAUAGUGAAUAACAUUCAACUUAUUAUCGACUCUUUGCCCUAUUACAGCACCAACAGCAUAAUCACUAGCGUCACACAUGAUUUCAAAAGGCAAGUUCCAAUCAGGUGGUUGAACAAUAGGUGCGGUUAUCAAAGCCCUCAUAAGUAUUUAGAAGGUUUCCUCACAAUCAUCAUCAAAAACAAAAGGAAUAUCCUUUUGCAAGAGAUUGGUAAGAGGCCUAGAAAUCUUAGAGAAGUCUUUAAUGAACCUUCUAUAGAAACUAGCAUGACCAAGGAAACUUCUUAUACCUUUGAUAUCUAUGGGGUAUGGCAUUUUCUCGAUUGCAUCAACCUUAGCCUUAUCGACUUCAAUACCUCUUUCAGAAAUUUUAUGUCCUAAGACGAUGCCUUCAUUAACCAUAAAGUGGCACUUCUCCCAAUUCAAGACAAUAUUGGUGUCUUUACAUCUCUGCAAGACUCGAUCAAGGUUGCUGAGGCAAUUGUCAAAGGAAAACCCGUAUACGGAGAAGUCAUCCAUGAAAACCUCAACAAUCUUUUCACAAAAGUCAGAGAAUAUAGCCAUCAUACAUCUUUGAAAGGUGGCAGGUGCAUUACAUAAGCCAAAAGGCAUACGUCUAUAAGCAAAGGUACCGAAAGGGCAGGUGAAAGUGGUUUUCUCCUGAUCAGAUUGUGCAACUGGUAUUUGGGAGAAACCAGAAUAACCGUCUAGAAAGCAGAAGUGCGUGUGUUUGGACAGCCUUUCUAGCAUUUGGUCGAUAAAAGGCAAUGGGUAAUGAUCUUUCCUAGUGGCUUUAUUCAGUUUCCUAAAAUCGAUCACCAUCCUAUAGCCAGUAAUAAUCCUCUGUGGGAUUAAUUCAUCCUUAGCAUUAGGGACAACGGUAAUGCCUCCCUUCUUAGGGACGCAAUGCACCGGACUCACCCAAUCGCUAUGAGCAACAGGAUAGAUAAUACCCGCUUCCAGGAGUUUAGUAUUUCUUUUCUCACUACUUCUUUCAUCCUAGGAUUCAAUCUCCUUUGAUGAUCCGCAACUGGUUUGAAGUCGGGAUCGGUUUUAAUCUUGUGCUGGCAUAGAGUAGGACUAAUGCCCUUAAGAUCAUCAAGAGUAUAUCCAAUAGCAGCACGGUGCUUCCUUAGAGUUUUUAGCAACUUCUUUUCUUCAUGCUCUGAGAGGCUAGCACUAAUAAUGACAGGAUAUAUCUCCUUUUCAUCAAGAUAGGCAUACUUAAGAGUAUCAGGCAACUGUUUAAGCUCGAACUCAGGAUCACCCUUUGGUGGGGGUGGAUCCCCAAGCAGUUCAAUAGGAAGAUUAUUCUUAAGGAUAUGAUAUUGUUCUAAGACAACUCUAUCUAUCUCAUCCAUUUCAUCCAUAUGCAUAUCAUUUUCAUGCUCAAGCAAGUAUUGCUCUAAGGGAUUAGUAGGAGGCACGGCCAUAGAAGCUAAGGCAAUAGUUUCAUCCCUACUAGGCAACUCCUUUUCAUGAGGAUGUCUACCAAACUUAGAGAAAUUGAACUCGUGUGACACACCUUCAGAGCCAACAGUGACAGUUUGCUUCUCACAAUCAAUAUGAGCAUUGACAGUAUUGAGGAAGGGCCUGCCAAAUAUGAUGGGACAAAAGCUAUCUUGUGCGGUAGCAAGAACGAGGAAAUCAGCAGGAUACUUCGUUUUACCACACAAGACUUCAACAUCCCUAACAAUUCCCAGAGGGCAGAUAGUAUCUCUAUUGGCAAGAUGAAUAGUGACAUCAAUAGGUUCUAUCUCAACAGGUGCAAUCUCAUCUUUGAUUUCAUCGUAUAAGGAUUGAGGUAUUGCACUAACACUAGCACCCACGUCACAUAAACCAUGAUAACAAUGAUCUCCUAUCUUAACAGAAACCACAGGCAUGCCAACAACAGGCGUAUGUUUGUCUCUAGCGUGAGGUUUAACAAUUCUAGCAGCAUCUUCAUAGAAGUGAAUAUUAUGUCCCUCAACAUCGUCGGACAGAAGAUCUUUGAUAAUAGCAAUGCUAGGUUAAACUUUAAUUUACUCAGGGGGUGUAGGUGUUCUAAUAUAGCCUCUACGUAUCAUAGUUGAAGCUUUAGAAUGAUCCUUUAUCCUAACAGGGAAAGGUGGUUUCUCAAUGUAAGCAGUGGGAACAACAGGAUCAUUAUAGGCAAUGACUUUCUCUUCAACUGGAGUGGGUUUAACUACAUUGACUUCUAAAGGAGGAUGAUAUUUAAACCACUUCUCUUUGGGGAGAUCAAUAUGAGCAGCAAAGGAUUCACACAAUGAAGCUACUAUCUCAGAGUCAAGUCCAUACUUAGCGCUAAAAUCACUAAAGGUAGUUGUCUCAACAAAGGAUUUAACGCAAUCAAACGUGAAAUGCAUACCUGACUCCUUACCUUCUUCAAGCUCCCAAUCUUCAGAGUUGCGUUCAAUUCUCUCCAAUAAAUUCCAUUUGAAGUCAAUAUCUCUCUUCAUAAAAGAACCGGUACAAGAAGUGUCAAGCAUGGUGCGAUCAUCAUGAGAAAGCUGAGCAUAGAAGUUCUGAAUGAUAAUUUCUCUCGAGAGCUCAUGAUUGGGGCAUGAAUAUAGCAUUGAUUUAAGCCUCCCCCAAGCUUGAGCGAUGCUUUAUCUGUCACGAGGCCAAAAAUUAUAAAUAUAAUUCUGAUCACGAUGUACUAAAUGCAUAGGAUAAAUUUUUUGAUGAAAUUCCAAUUUCAACCGAUUGUAGUCCCAUGAUCCAGUAUCAUCACAUAGCCUAUACCAUGUCAACGCCUUAUCCUUAAAAGAUAAAGGAAAUACCUUCUUCUUGACCUCAUCCUUGGGCACACCUGCAAGCUUAAAUAAACCACGAACUUCAUCUACAUAGAUUGGAUGCAAGUCUGGAUGUGAUGUUCCAUCUCCUGUAAAAGGAUUAGCCAGCAGUUUCUCAAGCAUACCCGAAGGAAAUUCAAAGCAAAUAUUUUCAGUAGGUGCAGCAGGUUGAGCAGAAACUAUUUGUGCUUCCGUUCGAGGUGAAGAUAGCCCAAACAAGCCCCUCAAAGGAUUAGUAUCCAUAGUGACAAGUGACAAUAAAUUUCAGCACACUAUAUGAAUGUUUCCUUACUAAGUUCCACUUACCGAAGGCGCUUCACUCCCCUGCAACGGUGCCAGAAAAGAGUCUUGAUGACCCACAAGUAUAGGGGAUCAAUCGUAGUCCUUUUGAUAAGUAAGAGUGUCGAACCCAACGAGGAGCAGAAGGAUCUGACAAGUGGUUUUGAGCAAGUAAAAAUCUGCAAGCACUGAAAUUGUCGGUAACAAGUGAUUGUGUGGUGAGAUGAUUCGUAGCAAGCAACAAGUAACAAAAGUAGCAAGGGUGCAGAAAAGUGGCCCAAUCCCUUUUGUAGCAAGGGACAAGCCUGGACAAAGUCUUAUAGGAGGAAAAACGCUCCCGAGGACACACGGGAAUUUCUGUCAUGCUAGUUUCAUCAUGUUCAUAUGAUUCACGUUCGUUACUUUGAUAGUUUGAUAUGUGGGUGGACUGGCGCUUGGGUACUGCCCUUACUUGGACAAGCAUCCCACUUAUGAUUAACCCCUCUCGCAAGAAUCCGCAACUACGAAAGAAGAAUUAAGACAAAGUCUAACCAUAGCAUUAAACUAGUGGAUCCAAAUCAGCCCCUUACGAAGCAACGCAUAAACUAGGGUUUAAGCUUCUGUCACUCUAGCAACCCAUCAUCUACUUACUACUUCCCAAUGCCUUCCUCUAGGCCAAAAUAAUGGUGAAGUGUUAUGUGGUCGACGUUCACAUAACACCACUAGAGGAAAAACAACAUACAACAUAUCAAAAUGCCGAAUGAAUACCAAAUUCACAUGACUACUAUUAGCAUGACUUAUCCCAUGUCCUCAGGAACAAAAGUAACUACUCACAAAGCAUAAUCAUAUUCAUGACCGGAGAGGUAAUGAGUACCAUCAAGGAUCUGAACAUAAACUCUUCCACCAAGUAAUCCAACUAGCAUCAACUACAAAGAGUAAUCAACACUACUAGCAACCUUACAAGUACCAAUCGGAGUCUCGAGACGGACAUUGGUUACAAGUGAUGAACUAGGGUUUGGAGAUGAGUUGGUGCUGAUGAAGAUGUUGAUGGUGACAAGUCCCCUCCGAUGAGAGAAGUGUUGGUGAUGACGAUGGCGACGAUUUCCCCCUCCGGGAGGGAAGUUUCCCUGACAGGAUCGUCCUACCGGAGCUCUAGAUUGGUUCUGCUCAAGUUCUGCCUCGUGGCGGCGGCGAAACCACGAAAAAGCUCCUCCCUGAUUUUUUUCUGGACGAAACCCUUCAUAUAGCAAAAGAGGGGGGGCAAGUGGGCCAGCAGGUUGCCCACAAGCCCUCAUGGCGCGGCCUGGGGGUGGUCGCGCCGUGCUGGCUUGUGGCGAACCCCUGGCGCCCCUCUGGCACUUCUUCGGCCCAGUAUUUUUGAUAAAUCAGGAAAAAAAUCCUCGUUGAUUUUUACGGCGUUUGGAGUUGCGCAGAAUAGGUAUCUCAACUUUGCUCCACUUUCAGGCCAGAAUUCCAGUUGCCGGCAUUCUCCCACUUCAUGUAAACCUUGCAAAGUAAGAGAGAAAAGGCAUAAGAAUUGUACCGUGAAGUGAAAUAACAGCCAAAGAAGCGAUAAAUAUCAACAUGAAAACAUGAUGCAAAAUGGACAUAUCUGCAUGCCCCACAUCCUUCCUAGCACUCUCUUGCUCUUGGGCAAAUAACUUUAUCUUAUCUCCUAUAGUUUGGGGAUUGUCUUGACAAGAGUAGUCCAUUGUGGUUAGAUACUGUCAGCUAGACAGUAUCCAUUGUUGUAUUGGUGGCCAUUGAUCUCAACAUUGACCUCCAAGAAAUUGCCUUCUGCCAUCCUAGCAAACACCAGAGAGCACUGGAGAAGAUUGAUAUCGUUCUGAGAUCUGUCCAUGCCGGAUAAAGAGGGCCAAAUCCAGAUAUCUUGGGAAGAAACUCCCUCAAGUAUGACAGUGCAAGAUCGGACAUGGCCCUUAUACUACCCUGCCAAGAAGAAGGACAAUUUUUUGACUUACAAUGCACACAAUUUAUGCUACCAAGUAUCCUCGGGGACAACCUGCUACCAUUCAUUGCAAUCAACCGUGUUGUAUCAGCAAUAGUUAGCUCUCUCAAGUACUUCGGCCCAAACACAGCUAUGACAGCCUUGCAAAACCUAUACAUGGACUCAAGCCAUGUGGACUCACUCAUAUGGACAUACUCAAAACACAGCUAUCACCAGGAACUCCAUAUGCAAGAAUCUGAAUGGUCGGAGUGCAUUUCUUAUAAGAGGAGAAGCCAAUCUUUCCAAGGGCAUAUGACUUGCACUCGAAAUAGUUAUCGUACCCCACCACCCCCUCCCGUAUACGGUUCAACACAUGCCUAGCCAUAUGAAAAUAGCGUUAGAACAUGUGAUGUUUGAAGAGCGGGUUGGGGUUCUCGAAGCAGUUGUUCCAAAGUAGGAAAUGGCAACUCUCCCGGUUGAGAUUCAGUGUCGCUGUGUGCCCCGGUAUCGAGCCCCUAAACUGCGGCCACUCCAAACUUAGGUCAUCAUGGACGACCAACGCAGCUACCACGAUCUCCUCAUCAUCGGAUGAAGAAUCAUCUGAAUCACAAAGAAUGUUAUAGAAAAAACUCAUCGUAGGAGUCCACUUGUACCUUGCGAGCAAACCGUCGAACAACUUGCAGGCGUCAUGGAAGAAGCCGACUGGUGAAGAGCCUCACGCCCCAUCGAGACAAAGUAGUGGACGAGGGCGGUGGCAACGUAAAUGUGGCAGUCCGGAGGGCUAUGGACGGAUGACUGGGGGCGCUGGUGGGAGGUGGGAAAGACGGGUGAGUCAGAGGCAAAGAGAGGAAGAGAAGACUGGCCUACAUGCCAACGACUAGUGGGCCGGGGGGAGAGAAGGGACGACGUCCGUCCGGUGUCCGUGCUGAUUCAAAUACGACCCAAAUUUGGGCCUGGAAUCGGUCAUAGGUACACAAAAACUGGACGUGUGUCCAUUUGGGUCGCCGCAUUGGGCCUGGUUUUGUAUGUGCCGUGACCCAAACGUACAGGCACAGACGAAAUGGAUCGUCCAAUUGGAGUUGCUCUUACUAAUCCAAUCUAGGAGCUUUGGUUCGAUACCAGCCUUCACUCCAUGUUCAAGAAGAGAUGUCAUGUCCAAAUUUACAACACCAAUUAGGAAAGGUUGACCCCUCCCCGAUGAAUAUAUUGAUGUUUCUAAUAAUACAUAUAUUAGUUCAAAGAACACCACUUCAAAUAAGAAAGGGUGUCCAAAUCAUUUACAAAUAGCGUCCAUACAUUGUCUAGUAUUUCGUCCAGGGAUCCAAUUAAUCAACAAAUAAGUUCAAAUCCUUUGACUCAAAUUAUAGGGAGAAAAAUAAGUGGUCUAUUUUCUCGUGUGAGCAUAGUUGUUUUCAUCCCGAGGACAAUGACAGUGCCUUCUAAGAGGAAUCUUUUGAGCGUUCAACCGAUAAAACAAUAGGAUCUAAGCAAAGAUCUUGAUCUUAAUGGUGCACUGUCAUAUCCAUUUGCAAGGUUCAUCCGUGGGCAGGUGCGUGCAUCAUGGAGUAGAAACUCUUCAAAGAAAAUGAUCCUCUUAACCAAGAACAAGUAAGUCAGGGUUGUGUUACAUUGAAGGCUUUGUAACCUACCAUCUAGAGGUUGCAAUACAUCCAUUGCCUCUAGAAAAAUUGGCAAGGGCAAAAGAUGGCUCAAUCAGGGGUUUCUACAAAAUAUUUAAUAGAAAUGUAGUCAUCCAAGGCAAAGAAAGGAGCUUUUCCAAAUGGUGUUGAAGAGAUCCAGGAGACGCAUCAAUCAACCAGGCAUCACACAAGGACAAGGAAGAGUCACCCAUAUUAACUUCCAUUAAUGAGAUGGCCAUGUAUUGAUCGUUAACUUCCAAAAUAUUCAUCCACGUUGCAACAAGUAUGACUCCAUGAUAGUAAGAAAUCCAUAUCAAAGUUUCCCAUGGAACGUGAGCUUUGUUAUAAAAUUUGCACCAAUGUUUUGUAAGCAAAGCUUGGUCUUGAAUAUGAUGGUUAAUGAUACCCAUACCGACCCAUAGCACCAUUAUCAUAUGGUUUGCAUACGAGGUGACAUGUUGCCAAUGGUUGCUAUGGGCUAUCAGCAUUGCCAUGCCAAAGACAUUAUGCUCAAUUCCCUGCAGUUGUUUAAUUAUACCAGGGGGUCUAGAGACUACAAAGAUAGUACAUGGCAGACCUCAGAAGUUUCAGUCUAGCACCUUGUGAGAGAUAGAGAAGAGCUAGCUACCAAUCUUCUUUUCAUUCUAUCAACCAAAGGCAUUCAGUCCUGGAUCUUUGGAGUAGUGUUACCCAUAGGUAAACCGGGUAAAUGAAAGGCAUCUUACCCAGUUGACACUCAAACAAACUACGCAACGAAAAGAUUCAUCGCCAAUCAUAUUUAUAAGCACCAUAGAGGAUUUAGAAAAAAUCACUUUCAAACGAGUGGAUUUAGAUAAAGAUUAAAAUAUUUCUUUUAGGUCAAGAAGUUGAGUAUCAAUAUCCAGCCUAAUCACCAUACUGCACAACUGAGAGUCUAGAUAAUGAGAUGGGAUUGGAAAAGAUACCACCCCAUGAUAAUACAUGUCAUUGAGAAUAGGCUGAAGUAAAUCCACUGCCAAGAAAAAUAAGUGGUAAUAGUGGGUCACCCUGUUGAAUCCUUGGUUUUCAUUGGAAUUGCCUACCAGCCACACCAUUCAAAAGGAUAGAAGGUGUUCCAUAGGAUAAGAUCUUCUUGAUCCAAGUGAUGGCACCCAUUUGUACACACUUUUAGAGCUCAUUUGUUGCCUAUCCUCCAUAUAGCAUGUUCUGUUGAGCCAAUUACAUGUCCAUAUGCAUGAUUUUCAUUAUUUAUCCUUUCCAUCACAAGGAUUGCAUAAUCGUAAUUCUUUGUUAGUGCUUAUUGGUUUUCUUUGUUUUUUGAGUGUUUUUAGGUGAUGUGGAAUUCCUAUCCACUUAACACGAUGAAAAGAAUCCAAAUGAAAGGGCAUCCACGCACCAGACUUAGGCAUUCGGUUUUUUAGUUGCUCAAAAUCAAUUUCUGAUAUUGUAGGUACAUCAGCGUUGUUCUCGUGAUUACAACGAGCAGAUGAACGUUGAAAACAAAGUUUGGAUGUUAAAGUUACUAUUUUACUGAAGAGUCCAAAGUGUUUAACGACCUUUGGUACGACCAAAAAUGCUCGUACCAUGCCCAGACAAGCUCGAAAGAUGCCCUUUCAAAUGGAAUUAUUCGAGGAUUUCAGGGGAUGUUUUGGGAAAGAGUUUGGCUUACCCAGAGCAGAUAGAUAAAAGUAGAUGCUACAUUAAUGAAGGAGGCUUUGGGAGGGUUCUUACAAAUAUACCUCCAACCCUAACAACCGGGGGACACCAUCCAUAUCCCUCUAUCCAUGUUCAAUUGUCAUCCUCAACAAGAAGCAAUUGGGGGUUGUGCCAAACCUAUGUAUCCAUUGUUGCAACCUUGGAAGAUGAUCGGGAGGGAGCCAUGCCGGAAAAAGCAUCGUCGAGGGCCGGCGCGGUCAUGCACCGUCACCGCCACAUCAUCCUCACCUACACCCCUUCUCCUUCCCCAUCACGGUCUACGCAAUGGGUUGUAACAACUCUUGAACCCCUUAUAUGUGAUGUUAUUUGCGUAAUUCUAGGCUAUAUAUCGGUUGGCUAGUAAGCAUUUAUUUUAUACUCGUCGUCUAUUUAUGUCUAUCAUCUUCAUGUUAUUAUUUACCCUUGCGGUAAUUUAGUGAUUGGAGCCGUCCAACCCAUUAGUGUAGUUAGAUACGUUCAACUCCCUAGUUCACACAUGAAGUUGAUAGACAGUUUUGCAUAUCGAGAGACCUUUGGGUGACACGCAUCGAUAUAUUGAGGGGAACACAAUUAUACUAGGGAUCAAACUUGUCCGUAGAACUUAAUACCUUCGGUUCGGGCCUUAUGAUAUUAAUCCCUUUCCGUUGUCCACUGUCGAUAUGGGACAAGAAAUAGGAAGAUUGAGAUUAUGCAAUACGACGAUUCUUGAGAGAUAAUGUUAUGUGAGGUGCUGCGGAACAUUCAACAAUCCUCAUAUCAUAUAAUGCAAGGUACAUACUUAAUUGUAGGUUUUAAUAGUUGAGCUAUAGAUCUUUUUGUCCUACCCACUAAUGUUUAAAACAAGUUAUGGAGUAGCUCAACUCCAUUGUCACACAGAGUUGCCAAAAAAGUUGAGAUAUGGAGCUUUUCCUUUCGUCCCUAUGCACAAAGUUGAAAAAAUCACAUCAAGGUUAAUGGACCACCCAACGACCAUCGCCUCCGCCAAAGCGAGCACAUAAUGCGCCGUUGUCUUUUCUCCCACACAGGAGCUAGCAUGGUCAUGUCCAUGACAAACAUGAAGUCUUCAUGCACGUGCCCCUAAGCACCUGUGUUCUGGAGCCACAGUCAUCGUUAUUGAAUCCCUUAAUCGGUUCAAAGAACCUGACACCAAAUCUCGAUAUGCACACGCAUGCAAGAAAUCCUAACCGCACCAGCCGAGGGACUGGAAGGAAUCUAUGUUGGAGCUCCAUCUAAUCCUUCGUGGUAGACGAACUUCAAGAGGAUCGAAUCCCAAAAAUCUGACCCGAAGAAGAAGCAUAACCAUCCAUCCCAGCACCGUCCCUGUGAAGGCUAAACUCCUACCUAUGUACUAGACGGUGUUGAGGCACCUGACAUCCCCUUCCUGCCCAGGGGAGUCAUAUGCGUAGGCUCGCCGACGGAUAUCGAGGGGAUGAAAGCUUUCCCUAGUCGCCUUGGGAGAGAGGAAAGCAAUUGUUCUACAUGUGGACGGUUACUAUGCUAGUUUAGUUAAUUAUACCAAGAAAACACAUAUUUUAUUUUGAGAAACAUUGUACAAAUGUAGACAUUCAAAUACAUGCAUGUACACCACCCCUUUCAAUGCGCACAAGGACACUCUACCCCUAUGAAUAUUUUCAAGAGAGCUAGCCGGCAUACAUUAUGAUAAAAUGCAAAAUAUUUUUCCCACACCAUGAAAUGGCAUCCUCAAACAAUUGGUAAUCAAGAAACCUUGUGCUUAAAAUGAAACCGAAAACAAGGAACGCUGGAAAAAGGAUGUGUGGCAACCACCCUAUGACACGAAGGACUGAAACUUCCAGCACACACAAUGCAUCCGACGGCCACACAACCUUCGAAAUGGAUAUGGCAGUGCCUUCAACAAGGCCAUUCUAACGUACAACAAAUAAAGUCUGUGUUCAGCAAAACAAUGUCUUCAACAAGCCCAUUGCCAGAUACAACCAAUAAAGGCCAGACCAUUAGUUUUCACCUUGGGAAUCAAAACUCGGUACUCGAGGAGCACCACAAAAAUUGCAGUCCUCCAGUGUUGCCGCCCCCACUUGCCAAGAUCACUGUUGCAAUUCACCAAACACCUGGCACAGAAUCUUCAUCGCAUCCAAUACACCCUUCCGUCAAAGCUUAAGACCUCCAAUCACAACGGCUAUGACUUGCUCCACCUGUAUCCAUGCCCAUGACACCCGUAAGAAAUCGAAGCUUCGCGCCACGCCGCCUCGAGGCUGUGUUGGAUUAUAAUAUUAGCGCACGCAACCGGGGCCUUUCCGGUCUAGAUAUCCAGGGCAACAUACGUCAAUUUGUAUAGAUCUCCGAGGGGGAAGACCGGAAUGCGUCAGCGACCAGAUCCAUGAGGUCGACAUUCGGUAGAAAGAUAACUUGGCGGAACAAAAGCGCUAUGGCCAAAGCACCAUUGUUAGGCCGAACCACACUAACCCGCCUCCAAAGAAAACAAGCAGCUCCGCACGAGGCCGGACGCUCCAGCCACCGCACCGAGCACCACUCCGAGAACCACACCCCUGAACAACCUCCACCUUACGAAGCCAUGGCGCCAGGUCUCGAAUCCGGCCGCUCCCGGUGAGGGACAAGUCAUCGGACAGCGUAGCAUCAAGCAGCGGCUAUGCAUGCACUCUGGUCUAGUCGGUCCUGGGUGAUCACGAUGUUCAUCCACGUGAUUGCCAUGGCACUGGGAGGUCAUGGUUGAUCGCAUCAUUUUGCAGGGUGCUUCAUCAUCAUGAAAUGAAUGAAUAUGUGUCUUCCUUUUUUGUGGGCUAGAUUCAGCGAUGAUACAAAAUCAUGAUGGACUCACCAUACGUAGUUUAUGAGUUCACUGGGGACGACAUGGACAGAGCAAAAUAGACAACAGAGGGUUCUAAAACUUUAGCUAUGGAUUAAAACAAAGUUUUACCUUGCUUGGACACCCAAUUAAGUAGCAUUUCUACUCGCAAAAAAAAUAGCAUUUCCAAUAAAAAAUCCUAAACUCAACCAUGCUUGGCCACAACUUUCCCACCUCAAUAACUGGGUUCUCUUUGUCAUACAAACAAACUAGCUCAUUAUCAUUUGUAUCAUCCACAUCAUCUGCAACCAUUCUCAUCAGCUCUUGUUCAUCCUCAUUUGCAUUUCUAGGCCCGUGUUACCAUCAGCGGGCAAAGAAUUGUCAUCCUUCUCCUUAUCUUUGUCAUCAACUUGAAUGCCAAACAUUUCAGCCAUAUCAAUGUCACAUAUUGGUGCAAUGAACAAAUCUGUUUUUUCAUUGAACUCUACUACAUUCCAGUCAACAACAAUCUUCCUAGCACCAUGGGUUCCCUCCUCUCCAUCUGCAUCAAUAUCUGUAUCAUCAUCUAGUACAGUCGGUUCAGUCAACAAUGCCAACAUACUAUUCUUUUGUGAAACCCACACAUCAUCUUCCAACUGUGCAGCCAUCUUUGAUGGCACAUAAUCAACUCUGGAAUUAGUUUGCAGAUCAAUUAGCUCUGCAUAAAAUGUUACUUGUUUGCAUGCCCACCCUUCUUGCUGAUCAAUUUCAGCAACCAUGGAUUCUCCAUCUUCAAUUCUGACAUAUUCACCAUAAUAGUUGUCGAAACGUUGCAGAGAUAUCUCUUGUUCUGGACCCCAAACAAUACUCUCCCCAAUUCUCUCCACCAAAUUGCCCACGGCCUUCUCCUUCAUGCUCUCUAAUUCCUGGGGAUCAACAUCUGCACUUCGACAUCCAACCUCACGGAGGUAUCUCUAUAAAUGUCUUGGACACUGCCAUCACUAAGCUUGGCUUUACAGGGAAAAAAUGCACUAUAAUUGCGAAUAUGGUGGUAGAACCAGAACCUCCCCUGUUUUGUCAAUGGCGGGCAGCGGCAGUGUAAGCUACGGUCACUAUCAAAUCGAGUUUGAUAACAGCUAAAAGAGAAAAGAGGGAGGGGCGGCAUUACCGAUUUGAAGCACUGUCUCCUCGCUCCAUCUAAUUCAGCCCACGCGCUCCUAUCCAAUCGAGAUUCUAAAUCGUCAAGAAACAGAGCAUGAGGCCACAGAUCUAUCCAAAAAUCUGGGGAAUGGGACUAGGGUUUCGAAAAUACUCACUCGCAAUAGCUCUGCCGCUGCCGAGAAAGGCGCUCCACCACCGCGGAGAAGAAACUGCUACCUCUGCCGGAGAAGAUGCACACGGCGGCGCUGCUCGCCCAGUCGUGCACGGUCGGGUCGAGUAUGGUCACACAGUCACCGAUCGAGUAGUGGACGGUUGACUCUUGACGACGUGGCCAUAGGUGGACCCCGCCAGUCAGAACACAUUCGUAACCAAAUCUCAGCCUAACUAACAGCCAGCCAGCCCCGUAAACGGGUUGUGUUGCUUGAGCUAUUUCUGCGCUGGAAGAUGUCGCAUGAGAGCCAUUACAACCAACGACGUCGCAUGAGAGAUAAUUCAACUCAACGACGUCGCAUGGGAGCUAAUGGCCCCUUCCUUUUUUGUGGGCUAGAUUCAACGAUGAUACAAAAUCAUGAUGGACUCACCAAACAUAAUUUAUGAGUUCACUGGGGACGACAUGGACAGAGCAAAAUGGACAACAGAGGAUUCUAAAACUUUAGCUAUGGAUUAAAACAAAGUUUUACCUUGCUUGGACACCCAAUUAAGUAGCAUUUCUACUCGCAAAAAAAAUAGCAUUUCCAAUAAAAAAUCCUCCAGGGCAUGUAAAUGAUUAGGCUUAGAAAAUAGUANNNNNNNNNNNNNNNNNNNNNNNNNNNNNNNNNNNNNNNNNNNNNNNNNNNNNNNNNNNNNNNNNNNNNNNNNNNNNNNNNNNNNNNNNNNNNNNNNNNNUGGUCAGGAAACCUUGACCAUCUUUGAUCAACGAGCUAGUCAACUAGAGGCUUACUAGGGACAGUGUUUUGUCUAUGUAUCCACACAAGUAUUGUGUUUCCAAUCAAUACAAUUAUAGCAUGGAUAAUAAACGAUUAUCAUGAACAAAGAAAUAUAAUAAUAACUAAUUUAUUAUUGCCUCUAGGGCAUAUUUCCAACAAACUCUGCUCCCCAAAAGGAUUCAUGCCAUCUGUACUCAGACCUAACCAUAAGUUCCUUGCGUCAGCUGCAAAUCUCGGGAACUCUCUCUCAAUUUUUCUCCACUGCCGACCAUCAGCGCUGUGCCUCAACUUAUCGUCUUUCAUACGAUCUUCCAUGUGCCAUCGCAACAACUUCGCAUGAUCUUUAUUUCUGAACAGACGUUUCAACCGUGCUAUUAUAGGAGCAUACUGUUGGAAAUAUGCCCUAGAGGCAAUAAUAAAAUGGUUAUUAUCAUAUUUCCUUGUUCAUGAUAAUCGUCUAUUGUUCAUGCUAUAAUUGUAUUAACAGGAAACAGUAAUACAUGUGUGGAUAAAUAGAUCACAAUGUGUCCCUAGCAAGCCUCUAGUUGGCUAGCUCGUUAGUCAAUAGAUGAUCAUGGUUUCCUGAUCAUGGACAUUGGAUGUCAUUGAUAACGGGAUCACAUCAUUGGGAGAAUGAUGUGAUGGACAAGACCCAAUCCUAAGCCUAGCACUAGAUCGUAUUGUUCGUAUGCUAAAGCUUUUCUAAUGUCAAGUAUCUUUUCCUUCGACCGUGAGAUUGUGCAACUCCCGGAUACCGUAGGAGUGCUUUGGGUGUAUCAAAUGUCACAACGUAACUGGGUGACUAUAAAGGUGCACUACGGGUACCUCCGAAAGUGUCUGUUGGGUUGGUACGAAUCGAGAUCGGGAUUUGUCACUCCGUGUGACGGGGAGGUAUCUCUGGGCCCACUCGGUAGAACAUCAUCAUGAGCCCAAUGUGACUAAGGAGUUAGUCACACGAUGACGUGCUACGGAACGAGUAAAGAGACUUACCGGCAACGAGAUUGAACAAGGUAUGGGUAUACCGACGAUCGAAUCUCGGGCAAGUUCUAUACCGACAGACAAAGGGAAUCGUGUACGGGAUUGAUUGAAUCCUUGACAUCGUGGUUCAUCCGAUGAGAUCAUCGUGGAGCAAGUGGGAGCCACAAUGGGUAUCCAGACCCCACUGAUGGUUAUUGGCCAGAGAGGUGUCUCGGUCAUGUCUGUCUGUCUCCCGAACCCGUAGGGUCUACACACUUAAGGUUCGAUGAUGCUAGGGUUAUAGGGAAUUGUUAUACGAGGUUACCGAAAGUUGUUCGGAGUCCCGGAUGAGAUCCCGGAAGUCACGAGGAGCUCCGGAAUGGUCCGGAGGUAAAGAUUAAUAUAUAGGACGGAUGGUUUCGGAUAACGGAAGUGUUUCGGGCAUCACCGGUAACGUACCGGGACCACCGGAGGUGGCCCCGGGGGACCACCGAAGGGGGCAACGACCCCGGGAGGUAAGGUGGGCCAAGUGGGGGUGGGAAGCAGCCCCUAGGUGGGCUGCUGCGCCUCCCCACUCGGCCCAUUGCGCAAGGGAGAGAAAAGGGGGGCAAACCCUAAGCCAGGUGGGCCUAAGGCCCACCAGUUGGUGCGCCACCCCCUCCUCCCCCUUCUGGCCGCCGCACCACCCAUCUGGGAGGGCUGCCGCACCCCCUAGGGUGGGAACCCUAGGGGUGGCACCCCCUCUCCCCUUCCCCUAUAUAUAGUGGGCACUUUUGGCCAUUGGAGAUCCGACUUUUCCCUCUCCCUCGGCGCAGCCCUGCUCUUCUUCCUCCUCCUCUCUGCCGGUGCUUGGCGAAGCCCUGCCGGGAGACCUCGCCUCUCCAUCGACACCACGCCGUCGUGUUGCUGGAGUUCUUCCCCAACCUCUCCCUCCUCCUUGCUGGAUCAAGGUGCGGGAGACGUCACCGGGAUGCACGUGUGUUGAACGCGGAGGUGCCGUUGUUCGACACUAGAUCGGAAUCGUUACGAGUACGACUCCAUCAACCGCGUUCUUGCAACGCUUCCGCUUAGCGAUCUUCAAAGGUAUGAAGAUGAUCUUAACCCUCUCUCGUUGCUGGUUUCUCCAUAGGAAGAUCUGAAUAUGCGUAGGAAAAUUUUGAAUUUAUGCUACGUUCCCCAACACAUACCACAUCACCUUGGCAGGAACCCUCUUCCUGGGUGGCUCGCCCUCAAUAUCACCAGGGUCAUCUUUUCUGAUCUUAUACCGCAAUGCAGUGCAUACCGGGCAUUUAUCCAUAUUCUCGUACUUCUCACCGCGGUAGAGGAUGCAGUCAUUAGGGCAUGCAUGUAUCUUCUGCAUGUCUAAUCCUAGAGGGCAGACAAGCUUCUUUGCUUCGUACGUGCUGGCGGGCAAUUCGUUCUUUCUUGGAAGCAUCUUCUUCAUCAGUACCAGCAAAUUUUUGAAUGACGAGUCAGUCACACCGGUCUCUGCCUUCCACUUCAGCAAUUCCAGUGUGCUACCCAGCUUCUUCUGGCCAUCUUCACAAGUUGGGUACAACAAUUUGUUGUGGUCCUGUAACAUCUGCUCGAACUGCAACCUCUCCUUUUCUGUGUCGCAACCUCGCCGUGCAUCAGAAAUGACCCGACCAAGAUCAUCAGCAGGCUCAUCUGGUUCCCGUUCUUCAUCGUGAUCUUCUUCUUCAUUGUCUUCCAUUGCGGUAUCAGCAUACUCAGGGAACAUAGAUCGGUAGUUGUCAUCAUCGUUCUCUUCUUCUUCAUCGUCGUCUUCCAUCAUAACCCCUCUUUCUCCGUGCUUGGUCCAAACAUUAUAGCCCGACAUAAAACCGGACCGAAGCAGGUGGCUCUGAAUGACUCUUGAGGAAGUGUAAUCCUUCUCAUUCCGACAUUCAACACAUGGACAAAACAUAUAGCCACCACCAUGCUUGUUCGCAUCGGCUGCAUCUUGAAAAGAAUGCACACCUUCUCUGUAAGCGGCUGUGCGUCGAUCACCGUACAUCCAUGGAUGGCUCAUCUCUGCGUUAUACGACAGUAUAUCAAAUACAAUCACGAUCCUAAAAAUUAGUACCGCACGGUCUAAACGAGGAAAUAUAGUUGCUAACCUUUUAGAAUAAGUAGAAAUAAAGAGGAAGAGGUUUAAGCGUGGCUCGGGCAUCUCAUAUCGUAGUUGUGUUCGAUGAACUGAAGCGGCAUCGCUCUAACACACAUUACAACAAACACCUCUAGUGCAUCAAAAAAAGUGGAGAGCAAGCACCCACCCACAAUCCUCCAUCCAAGAAAAAUGCAACGAAGUGGGGAGAGGGGGGUUGUGCUAUAUAUAGGCAGAGGACUUUAGUCCCGGUUUGAGACACAAACCGGGACUAAAGGUGACGCACAUGCGGGCUGCCCACCGCGUAGCCCUUUAGUCCCGGUUUGGGACACGAACCGGGACUAAAGGCUCCUUACGGGCCGGGACUAAAGCCUCGAGGGAGGCAUUGAGAAUUGGGGCGACGUGGCCGGGCCUUUAGUCCCGGCCCAGAGGCAGGCCGGGACUAAAUGGUCCAGGCCAAAGGCCCGUUUUCUACUAGUGACUACGUUUGCGCACACAUGAUGAACAUACUGAGACAUAUUCUAUGUGGUCUCGAUGCUGACAACACUAAACCAAUAAGUCUGUUUCUUAAUUACUAUCUUCUACUCCACACGUAUGUCACAUUCUGAUCUAAAAGUCCUGCAAUUGAUCCUCGGAUCGAUAAACUUUGAACCGCUCGCCGCAGAUGAAUUAUUGUCUGUUAGAAAAUUUAUCAGCACCAUAUUUGUGAAUCACUAUAUCAAGCCCGCCAAAGACAUCGAAGAUUUCAGUAUUUGUAUCCCCCAAUAAUAAGCACGCAUUCAUAUAGUGUUAUCAGCUACACAUAUAUGCAUGGAUGUAUUGUUUUCCAUGUGAUCAUCUCUUCGUAUUUCAUAAAAUAAGAUUAUGUAUUGAGUACACCCAUACAUCUGUGGAACUUAUCUAGCCUUUGUUCAAUUGCAUAUUGUCGCAAAUUAUGGUGAACUAUUUGUUCAAUUGCAUAUUGUGCCUAAUCAUGAUGAAUGUUCUUUGUGUGCGCACUAUUUAUUCGGUUGCAUAUUGUGGCGAAUUUUCUAUUCACGGAGUGAUUCAAAUGCGAUAUUUAAAAAUAACCUGGUCAUUUCAACGAACACGGUUCAAGCAACCAAGCGUGUGCGAUCUAGUAUAAUGGAAAGCGCACGCAACUCAUAGCGCGACCGUCUGUGAUCUACAGGAAAAGCAUACUAAAACAUCGGUGAUACAUAAGAAAUUGCACACAGUUUGCGUCACUUGUAUGUGUGCGAGGAGCUCCUUAAUCAUUUGAGAUAGCACCUUAUCUCACAUGUAAGCCAAAAAUAAACCAUGCCCGAUGCAAAGACAUCCCACGUGUAACUUUUUGGGAAACGUGUGCGAUAAUAUCAUGCAUGGCACACGGUUGGGAGGGAAAUCUCAUGCGAUAGUGAAGAUAUCACACAUAGUUUCUACCAUGACCCCUGUGCAUUAGGUAAUGUUUUGCAAACAGUAAAAGGUCAAACAUUGUUUGUUUUUCAUGAGAAAUUAGACGCAUUUGACUCGUGAUAGACGUGUGUGAUCGAUCCUAAACCCCAUACGUACGUCCAAAAUAUAGUGUGUGUGAUAUGUUUCUUCGCCGUACAUGAUUAUGUUUCGUAGAUCGCUUGUGUUCGUCGUUCACCAUCGCCGAUGAUUUUUCCAUACCGUGUGGGAUGGACUCUCCUAUCGCCCACACAUGCAAUGCAACGAUCUAAACAUUCGUCGCGAAAAAGGGUUAAAAAUUGUUUCUAUAGCACGUCGCUACAUCGGUGAUUGUGAUUGUUAUUACCUCUGUUAUUCUCAGUUCUCUGUAUUGUCAUGAUUGGCGUGAUUGAUGGUGAAUAGAUGACAAAGGAUUUGUGGCACUCAAGUGCAGGAGCACCGAGUCCCUCGUGAAUGCUUUUUCUUUUGUUUUUCAAUUUAAAAAACAUAUCUUUAAAAAAGUCCAAAUUAAGAUUUUGUUUUCAUAUUCAUGUUUCUCAUGACGAGGGCUUUCAAAUAAGAUCCAUUUCAAAUACGUAUUGACGAAUUUUGAAGAAGAAAAAUUGAAACACGAUCCUUAAGACCCGAUUCAUUAAAAGGGUAGAAUAGAGUUGUCCGAUUAAUUUAUAGAAACCCUGACAAAAACUGUUACAACACACCAUCAAAAGAGGGCACCCUGCAGACCUGACACCAACAAAACCACACACACCAUCGAGAAGAGGACAUUGUGGAGGAUGCAUGCAUUGUCAUCGGUAUCACAUCUCCCUGAGCACGUGACUCCGACUUCGCCGCAGACGACCCGUCAAGACCCCUUCGGACGAACCGUACACGACAACCUUGCCAUCCAAAGCCAAACAAUCAAUCGAAGCCGUCGAGGACCGGCAACUCCAAUUUUGUUGAUGCGCUUCACGGGAAAAAGUUACACACCUCGCACCGACCUAACCCAGUGCAACCUCCGAAUAGCACCAUCCACUCAAACCACCUUCAUGGAGUCAUCGUUGUCGUACGGUCCCCGCCUGACGCAUCUUCGACUUUUCUGUCAGAGUGAAAAAUAAACAUAGGCACACUUGUUGGCAAACCGGACAAUCGACAUCAGAAGGACAAGUCGCGACCCAGCUCCGCACGGCAUCAUUGUUGCCGCCACACAAGUUGCAACGCCAACCACUCGCAUCACCGGUUAGGCACCUGCCAACCGUAACGCCGUGCACCCAUGGCGGGCAGCAGCGAGGCGGAUGCACUGAGUGGUGGUCUGUGUGUGGCAACAACGCAGUUGCUUUGCAGGGGUGUGCGGGCCACUGGUGGUGUGGGCUGACUUCAGUUGGCUGCGUGACGAUGUUCGUCGGGUCGGCACUGAGUGCAAGCUUGGCUCGACUUUGGCUGGCCGGCGGUGGCGGCGUCUACGAGUGUCGUCUCCCUUCUUGACGGCACGUCGUGGAAUUCUUCGACCCACUUCAUCUGGGUCGGACAACGACGUCGUCUCAGCGCCGUUUCCCCUUUGGGUCGUUGCGUUGAAGACCGGUGAUCGUACCCCGUGCUUGCCUACCGGGAUGACCGACGGUGCAACAUAACUUCAAAGGCCUCCACAUGCAGCAGCCGCCCGCAGAGGCGAAGCUCCAAGAAGCAAGAAGAAGGUCGCCACACCACCCCUCUCGCCGGGGAUGAGCAGCCGGGACAGAGCCCGGAACUCAUCGACGAAGCUUCUUCUGUGACCACCACCCACAGAAGGCACCACCUAGGAGGCCACCAAGACAUCGAGAGUCGCCGCGCCACCGGGAGCCACCAUGAUCGUGCAGAUCUGGUCGGUCCACCAUCACCGCGAGCAGGGUGUGGAUGCCCGAUGCGCCGCUCACCCACCAUGGAAGCGCCACUGCACGUGCCGAGGACCUCCCGCGUCGCAAUCGAAUGGAUCCAUCGUCCCGGAGAUGGGCGUGCCCAGAUCCACCCGAGGUCGCAACCCUCACGCCACAAGCCCAGGUACAGAGGAAAUGCCCCGCCGCCACCAUCCCUUUGGUACGCACGGGCUUAGUCGACGAACACUCCAGCAGCGGUGAUGCAGGGGGCAGGGGGUGAAGGCCUUGCGGCAGCGGCUCAGGGUUCCCCGUGUCGCCCAAACAAGGCAACAUCAGGGUCGGGAGGUUAGCUCCUUUGCUAUGCGUGGCCUCGUGCAGGAUUCAACUAUUUUUCGACUCGUGCGCAAUUCAGCUACUUUCCGAAUCGCGAGGCAAUAGAGCGGCCUGGCAGGGGUGCGUGCCCGUGCGAGUUUCCGGUGAGUAGAUUGGAAGUUUCUUCUAGAAAGAAAAAUAGGGAAACGUUACCUUUCAAUCGACUGAUCCUGCUCUCGCGUCCAUCGCCUCCUUUGUUUGCCACGUGGCCAGGCGAACGAGCCGUGACCGUUUUCCUGAAACAACUCCAUUGUUUCAGGACGUUGUUCCUGCAGCUUGAAAGUAGUUGCAGAAGAAGGGAACUCAGGCAUGGCGACGACGGCUUCCACCGGAAGCAAGCCAAGAGCUCGCCGGCCGCCCCGCCACCAAGAGCUCGCCGGCCACCCCGCCGCCUAGAGCUCGCCGGACGCCUUCUCUCCAGUCCGGCAAGCAACGGGACCACGCCGCCUCCCGUGGUCGGAUGCCGCCGCCGGGGGAGCUUUCCUGCUCGCUAGGUAGUGCUUCUGCAACUUGACCUUUGUUGCAAAAAAUUCUCCCUCAAAACGAAGAAAAAAUCCUGCAACAAGCAAAUUGUUUCUGAAACUUGACCGUUGUUUCAGGAAUUAACGGGUCCAAAGUUUAUUUCUUGCAACAAAGCGAAAGUUUCUGCAACUCGAGCGUCGUUUCAGGAAUUAAGUACAGGAGCGGAUCGGACGCUACGCGCGAGAUCUAACGCUCUCGAGGCGGUGGAUGUUUAAUAAAUAUCCACCGAUAGAUGCGUAGCAGCCCCAAGAAAAAUCAGCUAAACCUCAACUUCAUUCGUGGCCCCUUGUUUCUCACUAUGAAAAUCCAAGGAAACACUUUCCCCAUGUGUACCCACGGCAAAAACAAGCGCCGAAUUUCACUGUGCGGCACAGGGGAGAGGGGAAGACACGGAGCCGGGAUCUACGAGGGGGAGUGGCAAGCGCCCCGCCGACAGAUCGAAAUUAAACGCCGCAUGCAUCUAGCUCAUGGCUCCACCCGACACACGUCAGAGGCGCGCAACAGUUUAUUGACCCGGGAACAUGGGCAGAGCUCUCCCGAUAGAAUCUCCCACGAGCCUCCAUGCGUCGGCCUGCACUAAUAAUGCCGCUCGCCAGCACCGCCACCGAUCGAUCGAGCGAGCGAGCUCGUGUCCCCGUCACCUCGGCUCCCCAAAGAGCACACACUCCACCCGCAUCUGUGCAUGCACGCCCACAUGCAUGCAUGGCCCGUCGCAACGCGCCAGCAGAGCUUCGUCCGGGCGCGCUUCCAUCCCCCAGCUGGCCCCAGUGCAGUGCAAGCCAUGGCUAUUUAAGCUGCCAGAUCUGCCGGUCAUGUCUGGGUCUGGCCAUUACCAAUACCACGAGCUUCAUUGAUCUCUCUAACAUGGGGACGCCAGCUGCCGGAUCGUUCGCCCGGUUCCUUGCGUUGUUCGCCGCCGCGACGUGCCUGCUCUGGAGCACGGCGUCCGGCUUCUCCGCGUCCGGCGUCAGCAGGGCCUUCGCCACCUUCUAUGGCGGCAGCGACGCCUCAGGGACCAUGGGUACGUACGUAAGCAGGGGUAGUUGACUCCAUUCGAUCCUGACGAACACACUCAAGCUGAUGAUGCGAUGCUGAGCACUCGAUCGCAGGUGGGGCGUGCGGGUACGGGAACCUGUACUCGACGGGGUACGGCACGAGCACGGCGGCGCUGAGCACGGCGCUGUUCAACGACGGCGCGUCAUGCGGGCAGUGCUACCGGAUCAGGUGCGACUACGCGGCGGACCCGCGGUUCUGCAUCCGCGGCGCCUCCGUCACCAUCACGGCCACCAACCUCUGCCCGCCCAACUACGCGCUCCCCAACGACGACGGCGGCUGGUGCAACCCGCCGCGGCAGCACUUCGACAUGGCGGAGCCGGCAUGGCUCAACAUCGGCGUCUACCGCGGCGGCAUCGUGCCGGUCCUCUACCAGCGCGUGCCCUGCGCCAAGAAGGGCGGCGUCAGGUUCACCGUCAACGGCCACGACUACUUCGAGCUCGUGCUCGUCAGCAACGUCGGCGGCGUGGGUUCCAUCCGGUCGGUGUCCAUCAAGGGGUCGCGCACCGGGUGGAUGCCCAUGUCCAGGAACUGGGGGGUCAACUGGCAGUCCAACGCGCUGCUCAGCGGGCAGAGCCUCUCGUUCCAGGUCACCAGCACCGACGGCCAGACGAUCACCUUCCCCAACGUCGCUCCCGCCGGAUGGGGCUUCGGCCAGACCUUCGCCACCAACAAGCAGUUCUCUUAAUUCUCGUAAUUAGAGAGGUUUACAAAUUAAUCUAUACUCCAGUCCUUUCUUUUGGGGUGUCCGGUAUUUCUUGAUCAGUGAUCGGUGCAUAAUGUUCGAUCAUCUGCCGGCAGCGUCGCCGUGAAAUCUUCUCCGGACGAGGUGUUGUGUGGGUUUUGUGUUAAUCAUCCAUGCAUUUGGCUCUGCGUCCGAGUUGGAGUCAACCUUCACGAUGGAAUGCAAAAAGUUUCAUCAAAUUUAAACCUAUGGUUCGAAAGAUAUGGAUUUUCAAAGUUCAAGAUGCUUUAAGAUUAAUCUGAAAGGAAAAAAAAAAGGACAUGUGACGUCCUCUGAUUGGCCAGAAUUGGAUUUCUAAUACCAUGCCACGUGGCAGCACGACAUUGGAGCAUACUAGUUCGAGGUUUGGGGCCGCGUGGACUGCUAGAUCUUACCCCCCCCCCCCCCUGUAACUUUUAUAAGGCCUUUUAAGUCACUAGAGGAAGUAGAUCUUAUGAAAAUCGAACUUUUGAUCCACAAAAUGGAAAUUCCAUAAACUUUUUUUAAAGGAGAUAUUCCACAAACAAAUUUGCAAAGAAAGAGAACGGGUAACACAGCAAAUUGGCCCAAGAGAAAGCGAGUAAUGCUACACGUACAAAACACUACGGGCUUUUACAAGAACAGAGUUUUGAUUGGAGAUUAAGGGGGGAGGAGGGGCCACCCCGUUGAAUAUCAAGGGGAGAGGUUAAUUAGGUUGAGAAGAUCCUAGCUAUGGUUUGAAGAUCCUACAUACAAUUAUAAACAUAUGGUGCCCGCCGGUCCAUUUCAUUUUUAGCUUUUUGGUUUGUUUUUUAUUUUAUUUCAUUUUCUUUUUUAUAGAUGUUCGGCAAUUUCAAAGAUGUUUGCUUUUUUCUUAAAUUUGUUUAUAUUUUAAAAAUGUAUGUAUUUCUUGAUCCGUGAUGGAUGCAUAAUAUUUGGUCAUGUGUCCUGGUGAAAUAUUGUGGAUAAUAUAUUUCACAAUGACAGGUUGCUCUACUUGUGUACUUUUUAAAUUAUAUAGAAAAAGGAAGUGGAUAAUAUAUUUCAUUGUUUUUGUUUUAGAUGGAAAAUGAAUUUCAUUGUUGAACGUAUCUAUACUGCAGCUGGAAAAUUGAUGAAAAAACAAAUAGAAUUGAAAAUCUCUUCUCUAUCUCUACUACUAAAAUUUUCUAAAACGAAGGUAAGAUUCGAUAUUUCCAUGUUUCACUUUUCUUUCCACCCACUUCGUCCAACCUUCCUUGUAUGAUAAUUAAUUACCUUAAUUUACUUAUCUUAUGAGCCUAUUACACUUUAAUUACUUGUAAAACUUCUCUUUAAAACAUAAUGUAAAUUACGGGCAGGAUUUAAUAAAUAUUUAUUUAUACAAUCACAUUAAUACGAGCAACUAAAUCACAAGGUAACAUGCUAGGAUAUUUAUAUACAUGCAACGCUAUCUGCGAUUAAGACUUCACAUGCUCUUGUCAUUUUCUUUGACAACCUGGCACUUAGCAAUGUGUGUGGCAACGGAGUGCAAUGGGAGGGAAGAGUCCGUGGUUGCCAUGAUAGCCACUUAGAUAGUGGCUACAAGUAAGAAUUUGCAUGCUCGACUUGUUCUGAUUUUGUAUGUGCCUUGAUGGGUUAUUCAUAUUGUGGAGGGUCUUGGUCAAAGGAGAUGACUAAUGAGGGAUGCAACUGGUUUGAUGGGCUUAAAACCAUGGUGAUGUGCUAAAAGUUCGCAUAUGAAAUUGGAGGUAUUCGUGAUACUCAGAAGAAUGUCGUGGGCAGGCGCUCGGUGAAAUUUCUUGUUAUCAUGUUAGAUAAGUCGCAAUCCACAAUAUCAAGGCACACUGUUUACAUAAGGUGUGUUGUUGUAUAUUUAUGUGGAGUCACAUAUGCUUUGCAUUUCAGCUGACAUGCCACUUUGGAUGAUUGUUCCUUAUAUAUGUAACUUCAUUUGAUUGGGUUUUCUCCAAUACGAAACUCAAAUAAGCACUUUACAGUUAUUGUGCUUCACAUUUAGUGAUUAUUGAUGGAAACAAUCAUUAGACUAUAGAAACCAUCAAAGGGUACCGAGAUCCUUUAGCGCAUCUGAAUUCCGCAUUGUCGACUACACUUGAUGUGUAUAUAUACAAGGUAGUGAGCACAAAGCGGACAAUUCUUUCGCCUAAUAAAAGGUGAUUAUGGCUAUGUAACAUCAACUUUUCAGUUCAUAGACUACUAUUUGUUGAAUUAGUUUCAUUGACUAGGCUAUAAUAAUAAAAGGAAAAUCCCCACGUGGUGUUCCUUAAGGAGAUGGUCAAAUUACUCAGAAAAGGAUUCUAACGAGAUUCACUCGUAUUUUCCCUCGAUUCUCUCUUUUGGACAUCUUCAGUUAGUAAUUGAGUUCUCCAAUGUGCAACUAAUGGUGGAGACCCUAGCCCAACCGACAAUGUCUCGACACGCAUGUAACUAGCCAGUAGCAUCUGGUAUGAGCAAUUUACACAUCACAUUCAGCAAAACUGAGGAGUGGCCAAAAGUAUAAAAGGCAAUGAAAAAUUACCAUCUCAUGCCAUCUAGCCUAAACCAUAUGGCUUGCACUGCUCUUAACUCGAAAUAGGACGGUCUCAACAUCCACUAAGAACUAAGUAAUUCUCAGAUAAAACUAUUUCCAUAACACUAAACUAGUGUUGCAUCUGUGUGAUCUUGUCCAUCAAUCGUACAACUCAAACCCCACGUCAUCUUGUGGCAGUACUGUCUAUCAUCACGUUAGUUCAUCUAGACUCACAUGACGCUUUGAAAUAUGUAUUCAUCCUAUCGAUGUUGUGGACAUCGCAGUGGCUGCGACACGCCUGUCAUCGAGCACGUCGUUUCGCAACAAGCAGACCAAAGACUGCCUAAUGGGGAAUUUCCGGUUGCAACGGGUGCAUCGGUGUAUGUAUUUUAUGAUAUAAAGGAUGAAUGUAAGAUACAUGUACUCAAGCAUAAAUAACGACUGAAUAAACACAAUAUGGUAAUGUUUAGAGGGGGUGCUAUCGUUCCCUUACCUAACAUAAGGUGGGAAGUGGUCCACCACAGAGCCAACCCUAGCAUUAUAGAGGCCUUGGUGCGAACUAGGUAAAAUGGACCUAACAACUACACAACAAAAGUAAUAGGAAUACAUGCAUUGGUACAUAUCGGAUAUCAUGAAAAUUAUUAUAAACGCAUAAACAUCCAGAAUAUAAUUUUGAUACGGUCUUAAUACACCAUGUGUAUGUAAUUAUAUGAUGCAAAUGAUGAUUAUAAGAUGGACACAGUGACUCGCACUAGGCAGAGUUGAUGAGUUAAUCAUGUUGUGUAGGGUCGAGGGUAGAGGAGAUGACUCAUAAGGAUGCAUGGGGUUUGACCGGCUUAAAACUAUGGCGUUGUGCUCAAAGUAUGCAAAAUAAAUUGGAAUUAUCUAUAAUACUCUAAAGAAUGCCGUGGGUGUGCACUAGGUGAAAUAGUUUGUUAUGGUUCUACAUAACUCACAAUCCGCAAUAUCGCGAGGCAUAUUGUUUACUCUAGGUGUGUAGUGGGGGGGCAAGAAUUCACAUGGAUCUCGGGCAUCAUCCGACAUGCACUCUUCAGAUAUGUUUUUGUUUUCACCUGAUGAUGCCUUGAUCCUUAAUCAUUGCCCUUUUGUGCAUGGAUUUUUGUAGCCCAUCGUACAAAAUGCACAAGUUAAAGAACCGUUCUGCAUAAACAUAUCACCGAUCUUUGGUAUUUUUAGAACUGGAAGUGCGGAAGAAACAAAAACGUUGGGCAAUGGGAGAGGGUGGCUAGCUAUAUUCCCACAUAUACUACGAAGAUUUAUAUCGAUCGAACCAACGAUGUCAAGGAUUGAGCUGAUCACGUAUGUAGUUUCCUUUGUCCAUGGGUAUAUUACUUUCCCGAGAUUCGAUCAUCGGAAUCUCCAUGCCUAAUUCAAUCUCGUUAGCGGCAAGUCUCUUUACUCGUUCCGUAAUACAAGAUCUCGUGACUAACUCCUUAGCCGCAUUGCUUGCAAGCUUAUUGUAAUGUUGUACUACCGAGUGGGUCUCGAGAUACCUCUUAGUCAUACGGAGUGACAAUUCCUAGUCUUGAUCCAUGCCAACUCCACAGACACCCUGGGAGAUACCUGUAGAGCAUUUUAUAGUCACUCAGUUACGUUAUGAUGUUUGAUACUGAUUGGCACUCUCUGGCAAUAGCUAGACGAAUGCUAUCUCGAUUGCUCAACAAUUAGAAAUUGUCUUGCAAUGACCCACCAGCGCGUGGGAUCGAGGCAGUUUUCGAGGUAGAGUAUUCAACCCAAAUUUGUUGGUUCGUCGAUAGGAAGUGAGAGGAUACUCUCAAGUAUUAGCAGCUGAAUGUGUCAGAUUCAACCACACCUGAAAGAUUAAUAUCUGCAAGCAAAGUAUCAACAGCAAAGUAGUAUGAUAACAACGGUGUCAGAAACGACCUGUUGACACGGCAGACUAUUUCUAACGGUCGUAUCAAUGGCGCCAGCCGUUGCCCGUUGACGGAAAUUGUCUUUUCCCGUCAACGCCGAGCGAACCAAAAUUGUAGCCGGUAGCAGCAGUGUAACGAGUAGUAGCAGUGGCAAGGAACAACGGUAGUGACAGCAGUAGCAAAUAGCAACAGUAGCAAGUAACAGCAGUAGCAAGUAGCAACACAGCAAGUAACAGCUGCAGCAACAGUAGCAAGUAACAGCAGCAGAGCAAAACAAGUAACAGCAGCAGUGGGACAAACUCGUAGGCAAUGGGUCGGUGAUUUGUUUGGAUGAUAUUCAUCAUGCAACAGUUAUAACACGGAGAGAUAUGUGGCUAGCUCCCGUUCGUCAAUGUGAAGUAGCCAUGCAUUCCGUGUGUCGUCAUACGUGCUUAUGGAAAAGAACUUGCAUGACAUCUAUUGUCCAUCCCUCCCGUGGCAGCGAGGUCCAAAAGGAAACUACGGGAUAUUAAGGUUCNNNNNNNNNNNNNNNNNNNNNNNNNNNNNNNNNNNNNNNNNNNNNNNNNNNNNNNNNNNNNNNNNNNNNNNNNNNNNNNNNNNNNNNNNNNNNNNNNNNNCGGGCCCACUCGGUAAUACAACAUCACACACAAGCCUUGCAAGCAAUGUGACUUAGUGUAAGUUGCGGGAUCUUGUAUUACGGAACGAGUAAAGAGACUUGCCGGUAAACGAGAUUGAAAUAGGUAUGCGGAUACUGACGAUCGAAUCUCGGGCAAGUAACAUACCGAAGGACAAAGGGAAUGACAUACGGGAUUAUAUGAAUCCUUGACACUGAGGUUCAACCGAUAAGAUCUUCGGAAAAUAUGUAGGAUCCAAUAUGGGCAUCCAGGUCCCGCUAUUGGAUAUUGACCGAGGAGUCACUCGGGUCAUGUCUACAUAGUUCUCGAACCCACAGGGUCUGCACACUUAAGGUUCGACGUGCUUUUAUGCGUAUUUGAGUUAUAUGGUUGGUUACCGACUGUUGUUCGGAGUCCCGGAUGAGAUCCAGGACGUCACGAGGAGCUCCGGAAUGGUCCGAAGGUAAAGAUUGAUAUAUAGGAAGUCCUGUUUUGGUCAUCGGAAAAGUUUCGGGCUCAUCGGUAGUGUACCGGGAGUGCCGGGAGGGGUGCCGGGGACCAUCGGAAGGGGUGUCACGCCCCAAGGGGUCUCAUGGGCUAUGGGAAGAGAUAAACCAGCCCCUAGUGGGCUGGAAUAAGUUCCCACUAAGGCCCAUAAGGUUUGAGAAGGAAAAAACACAAGGUGGAAAGAGUUUCCAAGUGGGAAGGUGGAAUCCUACUCCAAGUAGGAUUGGAGUAGGACUCCUCCACCUCCAAUUUCGGCCAAACCUUGAGGGUUUGAGGCUGCCUCUUCCCUCCCCCUCCCUCCUAUAUAUACUGAGGUAUUAGGGCUGAUUUGAGACAACUUUUGCCACGGCAGCCCGACCACAUACCUCCACGGUGUUUCCUCUAGAUCGCGUUUCUGCGGAGCUCGGGCGGAGCCCUGCUGAGGUUAGAUCACCACCAACCUCCGGAGCGCCGUCACACUGCCAGAGAACUCAUCUACCUCCCCAUCUCUCUUGCUCGAUCAAGAAGGCCGAGAUCAUCGUCGAGCUGUACGUGUGCUGAACGCGGAGGUGCCGUUCGUUCGGCACUAGAUCGGAGCGGAUCGUGGGACGGAUCACGGGACGGUUCGUGGGAUGGUUCGCGGGGCGGAUCGAGGGACGUGAGGACGUUCCAUUACAUCAACCGCGUUCACUAACGCUUCUGCUGUGCGAUCUACGAGGGUACGUAGAUCGGAAAUCCCCUCCCGUAGAUGGACAUCACCAUGAUAGGUCUUUGUGCGCGUAGGAAAAUUUUUGUUUCCCAUGCGACGUUCCCCAAGAGUGGUACCAGAGCUAGGUUCAUGCGUAGAUGUCUUCUCGAAUAGAACACAAAAGUUUUUGUGGGCGGUGAUGUGCGUUUUUCUGCCCUCCUUAGUCUUUUCUUGAUUCUGCGGUAUUGUUGGAUCGAAGCGGCUCGGACCGACAUUACUCGUACGCUUACGAGAGACUGGUUUCAUCGCUACGAGUAACUCUGUUGCUCAAAGAUGACCAGCGAGUGUCGGUUUCUCCAACUUUAGUUGAAUCGGAUUUGACCGAGGUGGUCCUUGGAUGAGGUUAAAUAGCAAUUCAUAUAUCUCCGUUGUGGUGUUUGCGUAAGUAAGAUGCGAUCCUACUAGAUACCCAUGGUCACCACGUAAAACAUGCAACAACAAUUAGAGGACAUCUAACUUGUUUUUGCAGGGUAUGCUUGUGAUGUGAUAUGGCCAACGAUGUGAUGUGAUAUAUUGGAUGUAUGAGAUGAUCAUGUUGUAAUAGUUAAUAUCGACUUGCACGUCGAUGGUACGGCAACCGGCAGGAGCCAUAGGGUUGUCUUUAAACUAACGUUUGUGCUUGCAGAUGCGUUUACUAUAUUGCUAGGACGUAGCUUUAGUAGUAAUAGCAUGAGUAGCAUGACAACCCCAAUGGCGACACGUUGAUGGAGAUCGUGAUGAUGGAGAUCAUGGUGUGACGCCGGUGACAAGAAGAUCGUGCCGGUGCUUUGUGAUGGAGACAAGAAGCACAUGAUGAUGGCCAUAUCAUGUCACUUAUGAAUUGCAUGUGAUGUUAAUCCUUUAUGCACCUUAUCUUGCUUAGAACGACGGUAGCAUUAUGAGGUUAUCUCUCACUAAAAUUUCAAGACGAAAUUGUGUUCUCCCCGACUGUGCACCGUUGCGACAGUUCUUCGUUUCGAGACACCACGUGAUCAUCGGGUGUGAUAGACUCAACGUUCACAUACAACGGGUGCAAAACAGUUGCACACGCGGAACACUCGGGUUAAGCUUGACGAGCCUAGCAUGUGCGGACAUGGCCUCGGAACACAUGAUACCGAAAGGUCGAGCAUGAAUCAUAUAAUUGAUAUGAUUAGCAUAGAGAUGCUUACCACUGAAACUAUUCUCGACUCACGUGAUGAUCGGACUGGAGAUAGUGGAUUUGGAUCAUGUACCACUCAAAUGACUAGAGAGAUGUAGUUUUUGAGUGGAGUUCUUAAGUAAUAUGAUUAAUUGAACUAAUUGUCAUGAACAUAGUCUAAUGGUCUUUGCGAAUUACGGUGUAGCUUGCGCUAUAGCUCUACUGUUUUUAUAUGUUCCUAGAGAAAAUUUAGUUGAAAGUUGAUAGUAGCAAACUUUGCAGACUGAGUCUGUAAAACCGAGGAUUGUCCUCGUUGCUGCGCAGAAGGCUUAUGUCCUUAAUGCACCACUCGGUGUGCUACACCUCGAGCGUCGUCUAUAGAUGUUGUGAACAUCCGACAUACACGUUUCUGAUGACUACACUAUAGUUCAGUACAAAAUACUUAAUGGCUUAGAAGCAAGGCGCCGAAGACGUUUUGAAACGUCAUGGAACAUAAGAGAUGUUCUAAAGAUAUGAAAUUGUGAUUUCAUGCUUAUGCCCUUGUUAAGAGGUAUGAGACCUCCGACAAGAUUCUUUGUCCACGAAGUAAAGGAGAAAAGCUCAAUCGUUGAGCGUGUGCUCAGAUUAUCUGAGUACGACAAUCGCUUGAAUCAAGUGGGAGUUGAUCUUCCAGAUAAGAUAGUGAUGGUUCUCCAAAGUCACUGCCACCAAGCUGUGAGAGCUUCGUGAUGAACUAUAACAUAUCAAGGAUAGAUACAAUGAUCCUUGAGCGAUUCGCGAUGUUUGACACUGCAAAAGUAGAAAUCAAGAAGGAGCAUCAAUAGUUGAUGGUUAGUAAAACCACUAAGUUUCGAGAAAGGCAAGGGCUAGAAGGGAUACUUCGUGAAACGGCAAAGCAGUUGCUGCACUAAUGAAGAGACCCGAGAUUAAACCCAAGCCCGGGACUAAGUGCUUCUGUUAUGAGGGGAACGGUCACUGAGGCGAAGCAACUCUAGAUACUUGGUAGAUAAGAAGGCUGGCAAAAUUCGAAAGAAGUAUAUUUGAUAUACAUGAUGUUGAUGUGUACUUUACUAGUACUCCUAGUAGCACGAGGGUAUUGGAUACCGGUUCAGUUGCUAAGUGAUUAGUAACACGAAAUGAAAGCUACGGCAUAAACGGAGACUAGCUAAAGGCGAGGUGACGAUACGUAUUGGAAGUGUUUCCAAGGUUGAUAUGAUCAAACGUCGCACACUCCCUCUACCAUCAGGAUUGGUGUUAAACCUAAAUAAUUGUUAUUUGGUGCUUGCGUUAAGCAUGAACAUGAUUGGAUCGUGUUUAUUGCAACGGUUAUUCAUUUAAAGAGAAUAAUGGUUACUCUAUUUGCUUGAAUAAUCACCUUCAAUGAUUUAUUGAAUCUCGAUUGUAGUGUUACACAUGUUCAUGAUAUUGGUGCCAAAAGAUACGAGGUAAUGAUGCUAGUACCACUUACUUGUGGCACUGCCGCUUGAGUCAUGUUGGUAUAAAUUGCAUGAAGAGGCUCCAUGCUGAUGGAUCUUUAUACUCACUUGAUUUUUGAAUCACUAGUGACAUGCAAAUCAUACCACAUGAGCAAGGCCUUGUUUUCAUUGAGAUGAAAUAAGAUAGUAACUUGUUGGAAGUGAUACAUUUUGAUGUAUGCAGUCCAAUGGGUGCUUAGGCACGCAGUGGAUGUCAUUAUGUUCUUACUUCAAUGACGAUUUGAGUAGAUACAAGAGUAUUUACUUAAUGAAUCACAAGUCUGAAAUAUUGAAAAGUUCAAUUCUGUUUCAGGAGUGAAGUUCGUCGUAACAAGAGGAUAAACUGUCUACGAUAUGAUCAUUGAAAUGAAUAUCUGAGUUCCAAGUUUUGGUACGCAGUUAAGACGAUGUGGAAAUUGUUUCGCAGUUCAUGCCACCUGGAACAUCAUAGUGUGAUGAUGUGUCUGAACGUCAUAGCCACGCACUAUUUGGUAUGGUGCAUGCUAUGAUGUCUAGACAACCGCAUUCACUUUAAAUAGGGCACCGCGUAUUUCCGUUGAUAUGACACAGUAUAGACUGAGGUUUAGAGAAAUCUAAACUGUCGUUUCUUGAAAGUUUGGGGCUUCGACACUUAUGUGAAAAAGUUUCAGUCUGAUAAGCUCGAACCCAAAACGGAUAAAUGCAUCUUCAUAGGAUAUCCAAAAUAGUUGGGUACAUCUCCUAUCUCAGAUCCGAAAGCAAAGUGUUUGUUUMUAGAAACGGAUCCUUUCUCGAGGAAAGGUUUCUCUCGAAAGAAUUGAGUGGGAAGGUAGUAGAACUUGAUGAGGUUAUUGAACCAUCACUUCAACCAGUGUGUAGCAGGGCGCAGGAAGUUGUUCCUGUGGCGCCUACACCAAUUGAAGUGGAAGCUGAUGAUGGUGAUCAUCAAGCAUCGGAUCAAGUUACUACAAACCUCGUAGGUCGACAAGGUCGCGUACUGCUGCAGAGUAGUACGGUAACCCUGUCUUGGAGGUCAUGUUGUUGAGAAAUAGUGAACCUACGAGUUAUGGAGAAAGCGAUGGUGGGCCCAGAUUCCGACAAAUGGCUGCAAGCCAUAAAAUCCGAGAGAGGAUCCAUGUGUGAAAACAAAGUGUAGACUUUGGUAGAACUACUUGAUGGUCAUAGGACUAUUGAGUAAAAAUGGAUCUUUAAAAGAAGACAGACAAUGAUGGUGAUAAGUCACUAUUAAGAAAAGCUCGACUUGUCGCAAAGAUGUUUUCGACAAGAUCAAACAGUUGACUAUGAUGAUACUUUCUCACUCGUAGCGAUGCUAAAGGUCUGUUGGAAUUAUGUUAGUAGUUGCUGCAUUAUUUAUGAAAUAUUGCACGUAGGAUGUCAAAACAUUGUUUCCUCGACGGUUUCCUUGAGCAAACAUUGUAUGAGAUACAACCAUGAGGUUUUGUCGAUCCUAAGGAUACUAACAAGUAUGCAAGCUCCAGCGAUCCUUCAAUGGACUGGUGCAAGCAUCUCGGAGUUGGAAUAAGCACUUUGAUGAGAUGAUCAAAGAUUUUGGGUUUGUACAAGGUUUAUGAGAAACUUGUAUUUCCAAAGAAGUGAGUGGGAGCACUAUAGAAUUUCUGAUAAGUAUAUGUGGUUGACAUAUUGUGGAUCAGAAGUAAUGUAGAAUUUCUGUAAAGCAUACAAGGUUGUUUGAAAGGAGUUUUCAAAGGAAUACCUGGAUUGAGCUACUUGAACGUUGAGCAUCAAAGAUCUAUGGAGAUAGAUCGAAAGCGCUUAAUGGAAGUUUCAACAAGAUGCAUGCCUUGACAAGUUUUUGAAGGAGUUCAAAAUAGAUCAGCAAAGAAGGAGUUCUUGGUUGCGUUGUAAGGUGUGAGUUUGAGUAAGACUCAAAACCCGACCACGGCAGAAUAAAGAGAAUAGACGAAGGUCGUCUUCUAUGCCUUAGCCAUAAAAUCUAAAGUAUGCCAUGCUGUGUACCGCACCUGAUAUGUGCCUUGACUCAAAAUAUGUUGAGAGGUACACAGAGUGAUCCAUGAUUGAAUCACUAGCAGCGGUCAAAAAUUUAUCCUUAGUAACUAAUGGACUAAGGGAUUUUUCUCGAUUAUGGAGGUGGUUAAAGAGUUUGUCGUAAAAGGUUACGUCGAUGCAAGCUUUGACACUAAUCCGAAUAACUAUGAGUAGUGAAACGGAUUCGUAUAGUAGAGUAGAUAUUUGGAGCAUUUCCGAAUAGCACGUAGUAGCAGCAUCUAUAAGAUGACAUAAAGAUUUGUAAAGGACGCACGGAUCUGAAAGUUUCAGAACCGUUGACUAAAACCUCUCUCACGAGCAAGACGUGAUCAGACCCCAUAACUAUAUGGGUGUUGGAUUCAUUGGAAUCACAUGGUGAUGUGAACUAGAUUAUUGACUCUAGUGCAAGUGGGAGACUGUUGGAAAUAUGCCCUAGAGGCAAUAAUAAAUUAGUUAUUAUUAUAUUUCUUUGUUCAUGAUAAUCGUUUAUUAUCCAUGCUAUAAUUGUAUUGAUUGGAAACACAAUACUUGUGUGGAUACAUAGACAAAACACUGUCCCUAGUAAGCCUCUAGUUGACUAGCUCGUUGAUCAAAGAUGGUCAAGGUUUCCUGGCCAUAGGCAAGUGUUGUCACUUGAUAACGGGAUCACAUCAUUAGGAGAAUCAUGUGAUGGACUAGACCCAAACUAAUAGACGUAGCAUGUUGAUCGUGUCAUUUUGUUGCUACUGUUUUCUGCGUGUCAAGUAUUUAUUCCUAUGACCAUGAGAUCAUAUAACUUACUAACACCGGAGGAAUACUUUGUGUGUAUCAAACGUCGCAACGUAACUGGGUGACUAUAAAGAUGCUCUACAGGUAUCUCCGAAGGUGUUCGUUGAGUUAGUAUGGAUCAAGACUGGGAUUUGUCACUCCGUGUGACGGAGAGGUAUCUCGGGGCCCACUCGGUAAUACAACAUCACACACAAGCCUUGCAAGCAAUGUAACUUAGUGUAAGUUGCGGGAUCUUGUAUUACGGAACGAGUAAAGAGACUUGCCGGUAAACGAGAUUGAAAUAGGUAUGCGGAUACUGACGAUCGAAUCUCGGGCAAGUAACAUACCGAAGGACAAAGGGAAUGACAUACGGGAUUAUACGAAUCCUUGGCACUGAGGUUCAAACGAUAAGAUCUUCGUAGAAUAUGUAGGAUCCAAUAUGGGCAUCCAGGUCCCGCUAUUGGAUAUUGACCGAGGAGUCUCUCGGGUCAUGUCUACAUAGUUCUCGAACCCGCAGGGUCUGCACACUUAAGGUUCGACGUUGUUUUAUGCGUAUUUGAGUUAUAUGGUUGGUUACCGAAUGUUGUUCGGAGUCCCGGAUGAGAUCACGGACGUCACGAGGGUUUCCGGAAUGGUCCGGAAACGAAGAUUGAUAUAUAGGAUGACCUCAUUUGGUUACCGGAAGGUUUUCGUGCAUUACCGGAAAAGUUUCGGGCUCAUCGGUAGUGUACCGGGAGUGCCGGGAGGGGUGCCGGGGACCAUCGGGAGGGGUGUCACGCCCCAAGGGGUCUCAUGGGCUGUGGGAAGAGAUAAACCAGCCCCUAGUGGGCUGGAAUAAGUUCCCACUUAGGCCCAUAAGGUUUGAGAAGGAAAAAACACAAGGUGGAAAGAGUUUCCAAGUGGGAAGGUGGAAUCCUACUCCAAGUAGGAUUGGAGUAGGACUCCUCCACCUCCAAUUUCGGCCAACCCUUGAGGGUUUGAGGCUGCCUCUUCCCUCCCCCUCCCUCCUAUAUAUACUGAGGUAUUAGGGCUGAUUUGAGACAACUUUUGCCACGGCAGCCCGACCACAUACCUCCAUAGUUUUUCCUCUAGAUCGCGUUUCUGCGGAGCUCGGGCGGAGCCCUGCUGAGACGAGAUCAUCACCAACCUCCGGAGCGCCGUCACGCUGCCGGAGAACUCUUCUACCUCUCCGUCUCUCUUGCUGGAUCAAGAAGGCCGAGAUCAUCGUCGAGCUGUACGUGUGCUGAACGCGGAGGUGCCGUCCGUUCGGUACUAGAUCGUGGGACUGAUCGCGGGAUUGUUCGCGGGGCGGAUCGAGGGACGUGAGGACGUUCCACUACAUCAACCGCGUUCUCUAACGCUUCUGCUGUACGAUCUACAAGGGUACGUAGAUCACUCAUCCCCUCUCGUAGAUGGACAUCACCAUGAUAGGUCUUCGUGCGCGUAGGAAAAUUUUUGUUUCCCAUGCGACGUUCCCCAACAGAGUUGCAGUCACAGCACCUGGCCCGUUACUCUAUGUAUCUACAACCUUCCUCCUUGGUUGUGCAUGAAGCGGAAGUUCAUUAUGAUGCCAGUGCUUAUACAAGGUCCAAAGCAACCCGGCAACGAUAUUGAUGUGUACCUAAGGCCAUUAGUUGAUGAACUUUUACAGCUGUGGGCCGAACCAGGUGUACGUGUGUGGGACGAGCACAAACAAGAGGAAUUUGACCUUCGAGCGUUGCUUUUCGUAACCAUCAAUGAUUGGCCUGCUCUUAGUAACAUUUCAGGACAAUCAAACAAGGGAUACAAUGCAUGCACGCACUGUUUGGAUCAGACAGAAAGUAUAUAUCUCGACAACUGUAGGAAGAAUGUGUAUCCGUACAAUCGUCGUUUUCUUCCGCCCAAGCAUCCCUUAAAGAAAAAAGGCAAGCAUUUCAAUGGCAAGGCAGAACCCGGGGGAAGCCUGUCAUCUGUACUGGUGCUGAAGUAUUUGAUAUGGUCAAAGAUUUAAAUGUAAUCUUUGGAAAGGGUCCUGGCAGCCAACCUGUUCCUAACGGCCCUGAUAAGCGCGUACCCAUGUGGAAGAAGAAAUCUAUAUUUUGGGAGCUACCCUACUGGGAAGUCCAUGAGGUCCGCUCGGCAAUCGACGUGAUGCACCUGACGAAGAAUCUCUGCGUGAAUAUUCUAGGCUUCCUGGGCUUGUAUGGGAAGUCAAAAGAUACACCGGAAGCACGGGAGGACCAGGAACGUCAUAAAGGAAGAGAUGGCAUGCAUCCAGGGCAGUUUCAAGGGCGUGCCAGCUACGCUCUUACUAAGGAAGAGAAGGAAAUCUUCUUUGAAGUCCUGUUCAGUAUCAAGGUCCCGACUGGCUUCUCGUCGAAUAUAAAGGGAAUCGUAAAUAUGAAAGACAAAAAAUUCCAAAACCUAAAGUCUCAUGACUGCCACGUGCUUAUGACGCAAUUGCUUCCGGUUGCAUUGAGGGGAAUUCUACCAGAAAAUGUUCGCCUGGCAAUUGUGAAGGUAUGUGCAUUCCUCAAUGCAAUUUCUCAGAAGGUAAUCGAUCGAGAAAGUCUAUCAGGGUUACAGAUUGAUGUGGUCCAAUGUCUGGUCAGCUUUGAGUUGUUGUUCCCGCCAUCCUUCUUCAAUAUAAUGACACACCUCCUAGUUCACCUUGUCGAAGAGAUUAGAAUUCUCAGUUCUGUGUUUCUACACAAUAUGUUCCCCUUCGAGAGGUUCAUGGGAGUCUUAAAGAAAUAUGUUCGUAACCGUGCUAGGCCAGAAGGAAGCAUCUCCAAGGGCUAUGGAACAGAGGAGGCCAUUGAGUUUUGUGUGGACUUUCUUCCUGACCUUAAGCCGAUUGGUGUUCCUGCAUCUCGGUAUGAGGGUAGGCUGACAGGAAAAGGCACACUAGGAAGGAAAGCAAAAGUAUGUAUGGACGGGCAUUCUUUCUCUCAAGCACACUACACAGUUCUACACAAUUCCACCAUGGUGGCUCCGUAUAUCGUGAGACACAAGAAUAUUCUACGCUCCGAGAACCCGGGGAAGGCUAACUCUUGGAUUAAAGGGGAACACGAGAAGACUUUCGGCAGUUGGUUGCAGACACAUCUCAUGAAUGACGACACCGUUGAAGAUGAGCUGUACUGUUUGGCCAGGCCACCAUCUUCGACUAUAUGUACUUUCCAAGGGUAUGAGAUAAAUGUGAAUACAUUUUACACGGUUGCCCAAGAUAAAAAGAGCACCAACCAAAAUAGUGGUGUCCGCUUUGAUGCAACAGACGAGAAUAGGCACUGUUUGGAAACAUAUUACGGGUACAUAGAGGAGAUAUGGGAACUUGACUAUGGACCUACUUUUAAGAUCCCUUUAUUUUGGUGCAAAUGGUGAAGCUGACAGGAGGCAGGGUAGUUGUAGACCAAAAGUACGACAUGACAACAGUGGAUCUCAACAAUCUUGCAUACAUGACGAACCAUUUGUCCUAGCCAAUGAUGUCGCUCAGGUUUUCUAUGUGAAGGACAUGUCUACAUUAACGAGAAAAAGAAAUCAGCAAAAGAAGAUAUCGUCCGAUGAGCCAAAACGCCACAUAGUUCUUUCAGGGAAAAGAAACAUCGUGGGAGUAGAUGAUAAUACAAACAUGUCAGAAGAUUAUAAUAAGUUUCAUGAAAUUCGGCCCUUCAAAGUGAAAACUGACCCAAGCAUCCUACUGAAUGAUGAAGAUUCUCAAUGGCUACGACCCAGAAGAAAACAGAAAUAAUAGAUAGGAAUAUUGGUGCAAUAAUGUAAUAAUGUAUUAAACCUUUUAUGUAAUGCAUGUAUGGAAUGUACUAAAUUUCAAACACUUUUCAUUUUCAUAGUAUCCAUGUAAGAGAUGAGUUCUCGUUCGAAACCUUGAUACUUCGAGAGAGAUUGUCCGUUUUGUACACGAAGUGCAUCCAGUUUUUGUCGUAGCCCUCUCAACUUUUUAACACAUGCUAUGUGGGUGAAAUGAUGAUAGUAUGCCAACUUUCAACAUUUUCAGAGUUCAUUUGUAGUGCUUUUCAAUUUCAGGGUCAACUAGCUCAAAAAAAUAAGUAAAUGCACGAAAUAUACCAAAUGAAGUCAGAAAUUGUUGAAAUUUUGUGAUGUGCCUUUGAAUGGUGCAUUUUGAACACACAAAAAGUAUGGAGUUCAAAUAAGUUCAAAAAAAAAUGAAAUCCCUUUGUAAGAGAUGAGUUCUCGUUCGAAACCCUGAUACUUCGAGAGAGAUUGUCAGUUUUGUACAUGAAGUGCUUCCAGUUUUUGUCGUAGCCCUCUCAACUUUUUAACACAUGCUAUGUGGGUGAAAUGAUGAUAGCAUGCCAACUUUCAACAUUUUCAGAGUUCAUUUGUAGUGCUUUUCAAUUUCAGGGACAACUAGCUCAAAAAAAUAAGUAAAUGCACGAAAUAUACUAAAUGAAGUCAGAAAUUGUUGAAAUUUUGUGAUGUGCCUUUGAAUGGUGCAUUUUGAACACACAAAAAGUAUGGAGUUCAAAUAAGUUGAAAAAACCAUUGCAGAACAUAUGACCAAAUUAAUACAAGUUCAUCAUCACAUUAAAGCCAAAGAACACUAGUGAUCAAAUGUUAUUAUUGCAAAAAAUAAAUACAUAAAGUUCUCUCAUAAAACAACAUACAACUAUGUAAAACAUUUAAAUGCAACAACAAACGCGAUCAAAAUCGCAACUAAGGUAACAAUUGACCCAACAGCAUAAUGAUACCAAGCCUCUUUAUCAAUGACAUAUUUUCUAAUAUUCCUAAUCUUCAAGCGCAUUUCAUCCAUCUUCAAGCGCAUUGCAUCCAUCUUCAACCGCAUCGCAUCGAUCUUCAUCUUGCGAUCAUCGAUGACAUCGGCGACAUGCAACUCCAGUUCCAUAUUCUUAUCCUCAAUUAUUUUCAAUUUUUUCUUCAAGUAUUUGUUUUCUUUUUCAACCAAAUAUAACUUCUUGAAAAGAAUUUUUAUGUGGGUUGGAAUUUCCGGUUCACAUACCUCCUAGAUUAAAAAAAUAUAUGUCACAUUGGUCGUCAUAAUUGUCAUAAACACUAAAUAAAAUAAAUAGUUAUAAAUGAUAAUAUAUACCACAUCCGAAUCAUAGACAGGACGAGGGCCGACGGAGGCGGAUACCAAAACCAUCGCACUAUAUAAUAACAAAAAAUAAUGAAAGUGAGUAAUUUAUACAAGUAUGUAUCUAAAUCAUACAAGUAAGAUUUUUUUGAUUUUAAAAAGAAGAUAAGAACAAGAGGCUCACCACGGUGGUGCUCGCAGUUGGUGCACGGCCAAACCUAGACAAAUAUUAAGGAAAAUGGAGCUUGGAGGUCGAGCUUGGAGAGGAGAAAGCUUAAGUAGAGUGGCUCGGGCAUUUCAUCGAACACGUCAUGUGCAUGAACUAGAGUGGCAAGAGCAUGGCAUGGUCACACUUCAACAACCAAAAAAACAGGGGAUAUGGCGGGCAGGGGCGAGGGUUUAUAUAGGCAAAACUUUAGUCCCGGUUCUUGCCACGCCCCGGGACUAAAGGCCCCUGCUUCCCACCUUCUUGUGUGCCGAAAAAGGGCCUUUAGUCCCGGGUCGUGGCUAGCCACGCCCCGGGACUAAAGGCCCCUGCUUCCCGCCUUUUGGUCUGCCAAAAAAGGGCCUUUAGUCCCGGGUCGUGGCUCCACCCGGGACUAAAGGGGUCUUUAGUCCCAGAUCGAGCCCCGAACCGGGACUAAAGAUGCACCUGUAUAAGCGGGAGUUAGAAAAUUUCGAACCCAAAUCGUCCAUUUUCUCUUCUUCUUCCUCUCGUUCUCCUGCCCGGCGCGGCAAGCGACGAACUCGACGACGCCAUCAGGCUGCUCGCCGUCCUGCUCGCCGCCGCCUGCCGUCCUCCUCGCCGUCGCCGUUGUCCUGCUCGCCGCCGCCGUCCUCCUCGCCGCGCUCCGCCCUCCUCGCGGCACGUCGCCGUCCUCCUCGCCGCGCGCCGUCGACACCUCCAGCCGGUAAGCCCCACGCCCCCCUCCUCCCCAACACUCCGUCCAGCACAAGCAAAGAAGAAAAAGGAGAAGAAAGGAAGAAAAAGGAGAAGAAAGGAAGAAAAAGGAGAAGAAAGGAAGAAAAAGGAGAAGAAAGGAAGAAAAAGGAGAAGAAAGGAAGAAAAAGGAGAAGAAAGGAAGAAAAAGGAGAAGAAAAUAAGAAAAAGGGAAGAAAGGAAGAAAAAGGAGAAUAAGAAGAGGAGGAGAAGAAAAGAAGAAAAAGGAGAAUAAGAAGAGGAGGAGAGGAGAAGAAGAGGAAAAAUAGAAGAAGAGGAGAGGAGAAGUAGUAGAAGAAGAGGAGAAGUAGAAGUAGAAGAAGAAGUAGAAGAAGAGGAGAAAUAGAAGAAGAGAAAAAAUUAGUUUAGGGUUACAAGAAGAAGAAAUAUUUUUUUUGUCAUUUAAUUUUGCUAUGGUAUAGUGUAUAUGCUUAAGUGUUAAUAGUGUUUCUUAGAUUAUUGCUAUUGUAUAUGCUUAAGUGUUAAUAGUUUAAUUUUUCUAUUGUAUAUGCUUAAGUGUUAAUAGUUUAUUUUUAGCAAGAAAAUUAAUAGAACUAGUUUAAUUUUGCUAUUGUAUAUGCUUAAGUGUCCGGGACUGGGCUCCGCCCGGCUGGUAUUUUAGAGUUUAGGUUCUAGCCAAGACCCGGGACUAAAGGUCCUCCUAUAUAAAACGAGCCUUCGAAGUUUCCGCCCGGCUAGUUUGUUAGUUUAUUAGUUAAUCAAAUGUCCGUUUUUUGCAGAACUAUGGAUCCACAUAUCAGGAACCUCGAAGAGGAAGAACUUCUCGAAGAUAUAAUCAAAGACGGCCCCGACGUUGAACCAGCCGAAUCUCCGACGUCAUAUCUAAACGACUUCGGAUAUGGAAUGGAGGUCGAGCGACACGAAGAUGAAGCCGAUGGGGCAGGAGAUAGGUCCCGUGACGGUGAAGGUGAUAGCUCCACUGAUGGAGAAGCCGGUGAAGAAAUAAUAAAGUCCGGCGAGGUAUACAUAUGAAGUUCGACAAUCACUUGUAAUAUGUGAAAAAUAUUGGAGAUAGCUCUAUAUUGUAUACAUAUACAUUCAUUUGACGAAUGUUUCUCCCUCUUAGGCCUCCACAUCGAGCAAAUCUACGAAACGAGGCCCGACUAGAAAGUUGGAUGCACGGACGCAUUACACCUUUGAGGUGAUAAUGCCUACGGGCGAACCCAAGCUUCCUAAGAAUGCUGCUGACACAUUCAAGAAGCAAUGCGGAGUUCUCGUUAGGGAUCACGUCCCGAUCAACGUUCGGGAGUGGAACAAGCGCAAAGGGGCAGCCGACAGUGACUAUGUCGCUGAAAGGUACAAAGAUAAUCUUUGGAAUGAUCUCAUGUCACAUUUCAACCUGCCAGAAUGUGAGAAUGAAGACGCCGCACACAAACUGAGGGCCAAAGUCAAGAGUGGACUCUAAAGAAGAUGGCCGAACUGUUCCGUAGCUCAAAGAAGAAGCUAUGGAAAAACUAUCUGGAGACAAAGAAAGUGCCAGUAUUCGAGGGUUAUCUAGCCAAGCAGGCGAAUCACUGGAAGGAAUUUCAAGAGUACAAGGAGUCAGAAGAUGCACAAGCAUUAUCAGAAAAGAACAAGAUAAAUGCCGACAAGAAUAAAUAUCACCACAAGCUCGGGCCAAGGGGCUAUGAGACUGCCAUCCCAAAGUGGGAAAAGAAAGAGCAAGAUCUGAUAGAUAAAGGCAUCGUACCUGAACCACUCCGUGAUGAGUGGGAAUUGAGAGCAAGAAAUUGGUUCCUUGCGCAUGGUGGGUCGUACGACGAAACAACAGGGGACCUCAUCUGCAAUGACAAUCUUAGGAUACCGAGGGAGAAUUGGAAAAAGAUAGUGAAAGAAAUUAAGGAGGGACAAAGAAAGUUCACUACAGAUAGAGAUAAAGAUUUGCUCACACUGGUCCUCGGCAAUGACGAACAUGGAGGACGAACGCGAGGCUUCGGUCCAUCUUACCCGUGGUGGCUUGGGUUUGCCAGAGACCAAGACACUUACAGAAGCCGAGAGAGAGCAAAGAAGCGGUAGCAGGAUGAGGAGAAUGACAAGUUCAACCAGUUUCUUGCCAGGAUUAACGAGCAACAUAAGCAGAUUGAUGAGCUUAGAGGAGUACCGCGCCAGGAAGAUCCUGCACUUGAUACUACCGACGCCCCAUCUAAGCGGAAAAGCAGCGUGGCUGAAUCUGAGGCCCCGCCCGGCGAUGAACGAAGAAUGAUAGAGGGCGGUCCCGGCUACCCCGUGGAUGGAAUCAAGGAGUCAACAUCAUGUGAACUCCAUAAAAAAUUCAAGAACAUAUCCAUGAAGGUGGCCGUCGGACAAGCUUUACCUUCUGGCCCUGAUGCACGCUGGCAUGGCCGUGAGAUUCCAGCUGGCUUUGCUAAAGUCGGGGUGGAUGAAAUCAUGAUGGGGUUUAGUGAUAUGGAGCUCGACAUAGCUGGACCCCAAGAUGAGAGGACACUCGGAGAAGUACUGGGUGGAGUCAUCCUAUGGGACAAGAACUACAUCAAGCUUCCAGGCUCGGCCCCAAGGACAACACUGCCUCUGAGUCGUCGCAGGUCACCUACACCUCCAUUACCUCCAAGCCCUCCACAUGACGUCGGCCAGCACAACACGAGUCCAUCUCGAUCACCGCCGCCGGACUUGGGUCGUCCGUCUCCGCCGCCGCCCGCUCCAGAUACAAAGCCUGAGCCUGCAACGGAUACAAAGCGGGAGCGUUCCACCAAGAACGCUCCGCUGCCGCCCGCUCCGGAUACAAAGCCCGAGCCUCCACGGAUACCAAGCGGGAGCGUGCCACCAAGAACGCUCCGCCGCCGCCCGCUCCGGAUACAAAGCCUGAGCCUGCCAUGGAUACAAAGCGGGAGCGUGCCACCAAGAACGCUCCGCCGCCGCCCGCUCCGGACACAAAGCCUGAGCCUGCCACGGAUACAAAGCGGGAGCGUGCCACCAAGAACGCUCCGCCGCCGCCCACUCCGGAUACAAAGCCUGAGCCUGCCACGGAUACAAAGCGGGAGCGUGCCACCAAGAACGCUCCACGGCCGCCCGCUCCGGAUACAAUGCCUGAGCCUGCCACGGAUACAAAGUGGGAGCGUGCCACCAAGAACGCUCUGCCGACGAUUCCUAAGCCACAGAGCACCCCAAAGCGCAAACGGUCGCCCCUCCCAAAGGUACGUCAUGCUAAUCUUCCUAUCGGACCUUAUGAUCGUACCCCCUUCCAUCACAGUAUGACUUACACCAUAAGCCUGAUGACUAUACACGCACAUUGCAGAAGGAAGUGAAAAAGAGCAGAUCACGUGCAAGCCCUCCACAUGACGUCGGCCAGCACAACACGAGUCCAUAUCGAUCACCGCCGCCGGACUUGGGUCGUCCGUCUCUGCCGCCGCCCGCUCCGGAUACUAAGCGGGAGCGUGCCACCAAGAACGCUCCGCCGACGAUUCCUAAGCCACAGAGCACCCCAAAGCGCAAACUAUCGCCCCUCCCAAAGGUACGUCAUGCUAAUCUUCCUAUAUCAGACCUUAUGACUUCCACCAUAAGCCUGAUGACUAUACACGCACAUUGCAGAAGGAAGUGAAAAAGAGCAGAUCACGUGCAAGUGCAAGUGGGAGCGAAUCAAGUUCAACUACAAGCAAGAAAAAAUCAGACGUUCCUCAGCUUGGACAACAGGCCAAACAGUCGAUCCCACCCCUCAAGGUGUUAACCGAGAAUGUUCCCCCUUCGGUGCAGGGGCUAGCUUUAGAAAGUGCAAAGGAGUUGGCGGCUGCAUGUGGUGUCUCGGUUGAAGAAUUGCUGUCUUCCCAAGACGACAAGGUACCCAAGGCUGUGGUAGCCCCUAAGCCACAGUUUGUCAUGGGUGAGCCUUUGGUCAGCAAAGAUGAUCUCCCAACAAAUAUGCGUUACUUGCAUCAAUGGUACUUAAGUGAAUCAAAGAAUGGGAGAACGAUGAUCGUGCUGAGUGUCCCACAAGAGUACUACGGCCGCCCGAACAAACCCAUAUCGACUUUGAUGAACCCUUCCAGAUGUACAAUGGCGACGCCCUCGACAAAUCACUUAUGAGUUGCUAUUGUCUGUAAGUUUUUCAAUUCGUUGUCUACAUAUAACUUGUUUAGUUUUUUCAAUUCAUUGUCUAUAUAUAACUUGUACUCUAUUAUGCAGAAUGAAGAUUCUGGAUUGUAAAAGUAAGAGCAUCCUAAAUAUUGGGAUUAUUGACCAAGAUAAAAUACAUAUAGCGACGCUAACUAAUUAUCCCAAGGAGAGAGAGGAAAACCUUCUAAGGUUUCUAAUAAAUCAAAAUUUCUGUGACCACAUACUGUUUCCAUACAACUUCAGGUGAGGGUCUUUACUCUGUUGUGUCCAUUCACAUAUAAGUGUAAUUGAUAAGUUAACUGACACACACACACACACACACACACAUAUAUAUAUAUAUAUACAUGUUCAGCUUUCAUUGGAUUCUGUUGGACAUUCAAAUUGAUAAGGGAAGAGUUGAUGCCUUCGACCCAUUAUCGAGACCCUUGGAACAGUUCCAAAGCCUGCAGGACAUGCUCCAAGGGUAAUUUUAAUCAUUCUUGCGCUCUAUCGGUCUCUUUCGAUGAUUUUCUGAUAUAUCAAUUAAUGAAAAACUUAGCAAAUCAUUAUCCUUGUCGGGCAGGGUUUGGAAGCGGUUCAAGUGCGUGACUCCCGGUAACUUUCAUGAGAAGCUGACCUUUAGAGCGGCUCAGGUAAGUAGUAGUAUGAUAUACUUCUAUUAAUUUUCAAUACAUUUAUGAUGCUAGAUUAUUAUUUUGAUUAUAUAUAUUCUAUUUUCGUAAAGUGCGACCAGCAGCCACGGGGAACGCAUCUAUGCGGAUACUAUGUUUGCGAGACCAUUCGCACGUUUACCUCUCAGCACAAGGAUCACAGAUUCGAUGUAAGCAAUGAACAUUCACACCUGUAUUUUUACCCGUCAUUCUUUGUUAUCAUGAUUGAUAUUCAUAUUCAUCUCCUCUUCUUAUAUAGCACACGACCAUGACGACGAAGGUCCUACCAGAGCAACGCGCGAUUGCUGUUGCAGAGGAGCUUGCGACCUUUCUGAGGACGGAAGCUAUAGAUGACAAAGGACGAUUUAGUGUAGCUAGGGGCCAUUAUUGAUGUUCGUCCAUGUAAUCGAAUAGACGGGCUCUAGUCCCGAUAAUUCAGAUCUCCAUGUAAUUGUAUAUAUAUGCUCGCUUGUAAGAUAAGUUAGUCUUAUAUAUAUAUGCAUAAUUAUUUCUAUUUAAAUUAUAUUAAAACUAAUUCCCGAACACCAAACGAGGCAUCACAUUAAUCUUCCGAACACCUAAACCCUAAAACCCUAAAACCCWAAAACCCAAAAAUAAUUUCAUUAAAAAAAAACCAAAAAUAAGCAAAAUCUGAAAAUCUUUAGUCGUGGUCCUUGUAACGAACCGGGACUAAAGGGCCUGCCCCUGGGGCGCUACGAGGCGCCCACGUGGAGCACCUUUAGUCCCGGCUUGUAACAGGGCCGGGACGAAAAGGUUAGGCCUUUAGUCCCGCCCCUUUAGUCUCGGUUGGUGAACCGGGACUAAAGCCCCUUACGGGCCGGGGCUAUAGGCCCUGUCCCCACUAGUGAGUAUGCACAUAGGCUGGUCCCUUGUUGUUGAGGACACUAUUUUUUUAUAAUAUUAGUCAUGCAUUUGCCCUGUUAGGAACAACCUAACCGGUGUAACUUUUUGUUUUUUUUUCUUUGGAUAUAAAUAUAAAGAGGAUUACUUACAAACUUGAACAUCUCGCUAGCAUCUUCUGAAAAUAACGGAUUUCGUUCACUUACCAGAGAAAUGAUCACGUGCUCCGGAGAUAGUUGGUGGUCGAACAGUCUCCUUCCUAAAGUUAUGUUCUUUGACAAUACACUACAAAUGAAGAUGAAUUUUCACAUACUCAAUUCUUGAACCAGAUAUGAACAGAACAUAUUAACAUGAAAGAAUUCAAUACCUAUCCAUGAAAUCCUGAAGAUCAUUUAGACCCCGAGGCUUAUUUGAGACUCUGAGAGAAUCCACGCAGUAAACCGUGUUGCGUUUUGGAAGAAUGUCCACCAAGAUCCAAUGCUGGCUAUAGUUUAAGAAAACCUUGAACUUACGAGCUUUGUCAAACACUGAAAGGCGAUUAAUGCAUGCGUGGUUGUAUAUUUAACUUACCAUUCAUGAUAUGGCCACAUGAAGAAUUCUGCUAGAUUUAACUUAAACAAGAUAAUGGCGACACGAUCAAUGGAAUCCUUGCGUGUAGCAUUAUUACGUAAAAUGUCGUUUGCUAAAUAAGGAUCUAUGAAAUACGCAUGCACCCUCAGUGCCCCGUCAAUACUCUGAGAGGAAUACAAUACAAUUAGUUUUUUUGUCCACUUACAUCCUUGUAUAGAGAAGUUGAUCACAGUUUGUGAAGUACUUACAACAUCAAAUAUUUGACAAGAGUGGCAACAAGCUCAUCGAAGUUGAAGUAGAGAUGGAAGUCCUCGAAUUCCACAUUGAUAGUACCCUCACGGUGAUUGAUGUGCCUACUAUCGUAGUGCACUUGCAGAAUGUUAGUAUCUUCUCCUUCUCACAUACUGCCCAUGCAAUAUUUAUGUAACUUGCGACAAGUGGAACUUCACUCCUCAUAGUAUACGCCAACAAGAAAUGGCUGUCCAUGCUUGUACUUGCGUGCUUGAUAACCCACAAGUGUAGGAGAUCGCGACAGUCUUCAAGGGUAGUAUUUCGUCCUAAUUUAUUGAGUCAACAUAAGGGGAGCCAAAGAAUAUUUAUUGGCCAUAACAGUUGACUUGUCAGUUCAACAACACUUGAGAUAUCCUUCGGCAGCAAAUAUUUAGUAGCACAACAAAUGAUAGUUGAAAGAGUAAGAGUGAUAGCAGCAAUUUUGGUAAUAGUAGUAGCAGUCGUGACAGUAGCAGCAAUAGUAGUAACUUAGCAAGAUUUAAUAAAUGUAACACAUAGGCACGUGGAUCAGCAGUGAAUAAUGUUUUAGAUGACAUUGAUCAUAUAACAGUUACACACGAGGGCGACACAAAACUAGCUCCAAUGCAUCAAUAUAAUGUAGGCAUGUAUUCCGUAUAUAGUCAUAGGUGCUUGCGAUAAGAACUUGCAUGACAUCUUUUGUCCUACCCUCCCAUGGCAGUGGGGUCCUAUUGGAAACUAAGGGAUUUUAAUGCCUCCUUUUAAUAGAGAACAUGAAUAGAGCAUUGACACAUUGUGAAUACAUGAACUCCUCAAACUACGACAAUCACCGUAAAGAAUCCCAAUUAUUGUCACCUUGGGGUAUGCAGAUCGAGACACGUAAUAGUAACUAUAACUUGCAAGAUAAGAUCCAAAUCACUCUUAUAUUCAUGGAAAAAUGAUAGGUUCAGAUCUAAAAUCAUGUCACUCGGGCCGUAGUGACAAGCAUUAAGCAUAGAAAAGUCAUAGUAACAUCAAUUUCACAACAUAGUGGAUACUAGGGAUCAAGCUCUAUCAAACUUAAAUCAAUUACAUGAUCAAUCUCAUCCAAUUCCACCGCUGUCCAGCAAGCCUGCAAAGUAAUUACUCACUCCCAGUGGUGAGCAUGAUGGUGGUAUUGAUGGAGAAGGGUUGGUGAUGACGACGGCGAUGAAUCCCCCUCUCUGGAGCCCCAAACGGACUCCAGAUCAGCCAUUCAGAGGAAGAGCACGAGGUGGCGGCGGCUCCAUCUCUUAAAACGUGAUGAAAACUUCUCUCCUAUUUUUUCUCGACGAAUAGGAGUUUAUAGGAUUGGAAUUAGGGUCGGAGAAGCCUCGAGGGCCCCACAAGCUAUCUGGCCGCAACCUAGGGGGGCCUGAUAGCUUGUGUCCCCCUAGUAUUUCCCCUCCGGCAGGUCUUCGCUCCAUAAAUCCUUAUAAAUCCCAAAAAUAAUUCACAAGAAUUUCGUCCGAUUCCGAGAACUUUUAUUUCUGCACAAAAAUAACACCAAGGUAGUUCUGCUGAAAACAACGUUAGUCCGGGUUAGUUCCAUUCAAAUCAAGCAAAUUAGAGGCAAAAAUCAGAGCAAAAGUGUUUGGAGAAGAAGAUGUGUUGGAGACAUAUCAACUCCCCCAAGCUUAACUCAUUGCUUGUCCUCAAGCAAUUCAGUUGAUAAACUAAAAGUGAUAAAUAAAACUCUUACAAAUAAUUUUGUUCUCGUUAUUAUACACAUGCUUAGCUAGUGUUCAAGUUUUCAGCAUAAAUCAUAAACAAACACAUCCAUGAUAAUAAUUUAAACAUCAUAUCCAAUCAUGGCAAUACUUAACCAACUAGUAAACAAUAAUAAGAUAUCUCACAUGCCAAAAAUUUGUCAAAACAAUCACAAAAUAAUAUGGUGACAUGGUAUCUCACUAGCCCUUUUUGAGACCGCAAAACAUAAAUACCGAGCACCUCUCAAAUUAAAGUAGUGACUAAAUAUUAUAAUUCAGAAUAGAAAUAGAUUCUAGUCAUUCUCAUAACCAAAAUUGACUAGACCCAAUGCAUAAAAAUGACAAUAAUGCUCUCUGGUCAGGUGCCUCUAGUAAGAGGGUGAUGACUGAACAUAAAAGUAAAUAGAUAGGCCCUUCACAGAGGGAAGAAUUGAUUUAUAGAGGUGCUAGAGCUCAAGUUUAUAAAGAAGGAUUGAAAAUAUAAUUUUUGAGUGGUGUUCUUUACUGUCAACGUUACGACAAAGGUUCUCAGUAUCUUCCAUGCCAAACUCAUUAUAGGUGGUUCCCAAACGAAAUUGUAAAGUUUUACUCCUAUCCACCAUCCAUACACAACCAUAGCUAGCCAAAUUCACGGAUGCCCUCCAACAUAUCAUCCUGCCCAAGGAUUUUGUUUUUGAUUUAGUUUUGGUUAAGCAGGGCUAGGAACCCUUGUUACCAACCUUCCUCGUGCAAUGACAAUAAAUAAACGCCCGUCUUGAGAGUAACUCACUUAGCAUGGAAGAUAUCGAUUGCCCCGUGGCUGCAUGAGCGGUACGAGUGCACAAAAUAGAUGUUUAUUUGAUGGUUUUAGACGUGACACAUGAAAUUUACUUGGGAUGGAAGGGUAAUACCGCAUAUAGGUAGGUAUGGUGGACUCAUUGGAAUAACUUGGUUUCAGGAUAUUGCACUACAGGAAUCAGAGACUUUGUCGUCUGCCAUGGCAGACGGCAAAGGGGGGCACCCUGGACGGCAAAGCCUUUGCCGAUCGUCAGCCCAGGGCAAACUAGACGUCAAAGAAUUAUCCGGUGAAGCGGUACUUUGCCGUCUACCUUUGGCCUGCGGAUGACAAAGAACCUUUGCCGUGGGGGGGGGGGGGGGUAGACGACAAAGAACAUGGGACGACAGAUCCGCGGGCACCUCCAUUAAGUGUUAACGACAGCCUGCUGGGCCCACCUACCCUUUGCUGUCUACCAUGCCCUCCCUUUGCCGUUUGCCAUGCUUGUGGGCAGACGACAAAGGGGGGCACCCAACCCCUCUCGUUGGACCCUUUGCCGCCUGCCAUGUAUGUGGGCCGACGGCAAAAGGGGGCACCCAGUUUGCUUCAACCCUAAACCUUUGUACCCUUUGCCGUCUGUUGCAACCCCUUUGCCGUCGGUGGGCAGACGACAAAGGAUCCAAACUGCCCCUGUUUAUUUUAUUUUUUAUAAUAUCCAGCAAUUUUCACACAAAUCAGGGAUAUAUAUAUAUAUAUUUGACAGAAAUAAUGUUGUUGCCAUACUCAUAACCAUAUUAAAAUAAGUUUCAUCCAUAAUACAUACAUAUUAUGCAAGUUUCAUUCAUACCAAACCAUAUAUUACACUAGUUCCAUCCAUACAUACAAAGUUUUAUAUCCAUAUACUACAAUAGUUUCAAUCCAAGCUUUCAUGAAGCUAUUUUAGAAGAAACCAUAUUGAAGCACUCCAUCAAUAUAAUCCAAGCUUCCGUGAAGUGAAUGUAAUAUGCAAAAUGGGGAAUAAGAAAGUUAGAAGAAGAAGACUAGAUGAAGAAGAGAAGUAUAGGUCAUUUUAGAACUAAUUUAGCUUACUACAUCAUUUAGGAGGAAACUAAGCUAAGUAUAUGUCAUUUUGGAGCAACUUAAGUAAAAAUAGGUCAUUUUUGAGCUAACUAUGCUUAUUAAGCCAUUUUGGAGCUAGCUAAGCUUAUUAUAGGCCAUUUAAUAGCUAAGUUAGGGGGAAUAGGUCAUCUUGGAGCUACGUAAGCAUAUUAUGUCAUUUAGGAGAGAACUUAGCUAAGUAUAGGUCAUUUUUUUAUUAAAUAGGCCAUUUUGUAGCUAACUAAGCUAAUUAUAUCAUUUAGGAGGAAACUAAGCUAAGUAUAUGUCAUUCUAGAGCUACUUAGGUAAAAAUAGGUCAUUUUGGAGCUAACUAUGCUUAUUAAGCCAUUUUGGAGCUAGCUAAGCUAAUUAUAGGCCAUUUAAUAGCUAAGUUAGGGGGAAUAGGUCAUCUUGGAGCUACGUAAGCCCGAUUAUGUCAUUUAGGAGACAACUUAGCUAAGUAUAGUUCAUUUUUAAUUAAAUAGGUCAUUUUGUAGCUAUCUAAGCUAAUUAUGUCAUUUAGGUGGAAGCCAAGCUAAGUAUAGGUCAUUGUAGAGCUAACUUGCGUAAAAUAUGUCAUUUUGGAGCAAACUAUGCUUAUUAAGCCAUUUUGGAGGUAGCUAAGCUAAUUAUAAGCCAUUUAAUAGCUAAGUUAGGGGGAAUAGGUCAUCUUGGAGCUACGUAAGCUUGAUUAUGCCAUUUCGGAAAGAACUUAGCUAAGAGGGUGUUUGGAUACUCUCUAGUCAUGUGACUAGUAGUAGUCAGACUAAAAGUUUUUAGUCAGGCCCUGUUUGGAAGGUGACUACUACUAGUCAGCAUUAAAUGUCUCAGUAUUAAAUUUUUCUCUCUCCCUUCCAUUUAUCUCUCUUCUCUCCCUUGUGCAACAGAAACUACCGCUAUACUCCCGCGCAAGGAAGGAAAGCAGCUUCCUUUUCUCCCUCACGCCAUGCAACAACAGCUCUCAAUACCCUUUUCUUCUCUCCGCACGCAAGCAACACAAGCACCAGACUAUCCCUCACGAAAAGCACAAGGAAAAAUGUACAUACAUAAGAAAUCAAAAUUGUCCACACAAGGAAAUCAAAACUGUCCACACAUAAGAAAACUAAAAUUGUCCCAUAACGUUACAUGUUGGAAACGAAAUAAAUAACAUCACAAAUUUCUCAACGCCUGUUGAACAAACCAUCAGCAAUCAUAUCUCUCACUCGAUUCAUAUCCACUGAAUCUAGCUCCAUUUCUUCACCCCUAGUGUUACGACGCCUCCUCCUCCUUGUUUCCUCAAUGAGAGGUUGAUAACUCUCAUCAUUGUCACACCUAUCGAAUUCCUUGUCCGCCAAAUGACUUUCACGAAUAAAAUUGUGCAAGGCCAUGCAUGCCACAAUAAUUUUUGUUUGCUUGCAUAGAGGAUAACUUGGUACUUUGAAAAGAAUCCUCCACUUAUUUUUCAAGACUCCAAAACAACGCUCAAUGACAUUGCGUAGUCUAGAAUGAGUAUAAUUGAAGUGCUCCUUUUUACCUCUCGGCAUGGUGCCUUGAUGGAACUCUUGAAAAUGAUACUUUUGGCCCCUAUACGGUGCAAGAUAACCCUGUUUGUUGGGGUAGCCCGAGUCAACAAGAUAAAAUUUCCCUGUUCAUGGCAAUGCAUUUUAGCAAAUGUCAAUGUAAGGCAUAAAACUAUUGUACUGAGUAUCAAGUUUUGUACCUGAAGGUGGAUGUGGAAACUUGUGAUCAAACCGGCUAAGAGCAUCCUUGAAUGGCCUCAUAUCAUGGACCGAUCCAGGCCACCCCGCAAGCACAAAAGUGAAUCUCAUGUCGAAAUCACACACAACCAUAACAUUCUGACUACAGUAACCAUGUCUGCUUAAAUACUGUGGAACCUUGUUUGGUGGCACCACAACCGGCACAUGAGUCCCAUCUAUUGCUCCAAUGCAAUCAUUGAACCAUGGAUACCACUGAGCACCUCUUAACCUUUCAUGGACAACUCUAAAUUCAGGAUCUCGUGGCUUAAUGAUGUCAAUGGAAAGCUUAACCAUACAUUCCAAAACUUUGUUAAACUUUCUACUGACUGUCUCCAUGGACCUGAUAAACCGAUUCUCAGCAUGUCUAACAGAUUGGGGAGAUCCAACUAUAUAUAAAAAGAGAGCUAAACUCUCAACUGAUGACAUUUUCUUGGUUGACUUCAGUCCAUAAGACUCCACUAGCAGAUUAUGUAGUUUAUCAAACACCGGUGGGUACAUCCUAAACAUUUUGUAGCAAUCUGUUCUGUUUCCUAGAGUUCUCACUACCCAUUCAUAUCCAGACUCUUUAGAUUUUAAAAUUCUCCUUUCCCCUUUAACCAUGAAACGAUCCAUGUAGUACAUACCAAACAUGUGGGCGACCAUACCUAGUUUGUUGAGCCUCUGCCGCCUCAACUGAAGUAGUGCUAGCACUCUAUUGGUCCUUGUAUAUUCUUCUUCCUCAUCACUAGAGUCAUCAUCUUCAUCAGUCCUGUCCUCAUCACUAGACUCAUCAUCUUGGUCUGUACUGUCCUCAUCACUAGAUUCAUCCUCAUUCUGCAAGAAAAGCACAAGCAAAUAGAAAUCAUGAAGUCUACAGACAUAAUGAACAUAUCAUCGACACAUGCAAAUACACAGAUCGGUAGAUAAUAAUUUGUCCACAAAUCAUGUCAUCCACGACUCCAGACACAAGAGGACACACAUGACUCAAGACACAAGAGGACACACAUGACUCAAGACACAAGACUAGCUGACACAGAUUCUGCCUUCAUAUCUCGCCAUCUGCUGCAUACAUGUUCUUCGCCCUGCACCAUCUCUUCAACCAUAUCAACCUAGCUUCAGGGGUCUUCAUGUUCUGGAAGACAGUUCUGUUGUGUUUCUCCUUGAAUAAAUCACAAGCAACAAAGUACUCAACUGACUCUUCUGAUGCUCCACACUCAAUGGCAAGGUUCUGACAGUUUUUUACUGACUGAGCACGUUCCUCACUUCUCCUAACCUUUUCAUUGCCUUGGUUCACAAGAGCCUGCAAAAUAGAGUCUGUUUUCUCACUUUCCUUCUCCAACUUAGUUUCAAUGUCCUUCAUAUAUUUCACAAAUGGACCCCGAGUUUUGCCUUGAGUACGAGGCAUGUUGUCUAAAGUUUUGCUUCUCUUUGAAGGACUACUAGCUGUACUCCUUAACUCUGAGCGGCUCCCUCUCUUUUGAGUGCUGGUACUCAUAGGGCUGGACACAAAGCCUUCAUUGCCAUCCAGGUCAUCAUCAUUACUUAACUCCAAACAAUCUUCUGUCCCAGGAACAUAAGCAGAUGAACCAUCCACAGCGACCUCAUGAAAUAUCUCAUGUAACAGGGGCAUAUACUCAGGGUUACCAUUUCUAAAUUUCUUGAGAUUUGGUCUAUCCUGAAAAGAAAUAAUAGAAAGAAAUCAGCAUAUAUAUCUUCUGUCAUUGGAGCAUGAACACUUGAAGGAGAGGGAGCAAGGAUAUAAGCAUAAAUACCUUGAUUUCUUUCUCCCACCAAUCUGCAGUUGCCGUCACUUCGCCAUCUGAGCCGCGGCCGCAGCCGGUUUGCUGCUGCAACCAUACCCAAUCAUUGUACAAGCCCUUCAAGUUAGUUAUUUUGUUCCUGAAUUCCCUGCCUGGAUGCCACAGCUUUGCCCUUUCCCAAUAUUUCUCCCUCAUAUUCUUGUACGCCUGAGGGCUCCAAACUCUACCAGCGUAAUUGCCAGCAUCUAUUUCCUCACAAGCUAUUUCACAUAAAGUCAAUGUAUUUCUGUCUGUCCAGUUAGCCUUGCUUUUUGGCCUCUAUUAAAAAAAUGUAUGAGAAAACAGAACAAGUACUAUUUCAGAUACUGUACUAUUUUUGAUAAAUAUGACAGAACAAGUAGCAGGAAAAAUGUAUGAGAAAACAGAACAAGUACUAUCUCCUCAUGCAUUUUCUGCUUAAUAGCUAUUUUCUUUCAUUUGUCCAAACUGAACACCUUGCUGUAGUUUCUACUUUCUACUUUCCACUUAACAAGCUGUAGUUUCUACUUUCUACUUUCCACUUAACAUACAUUCAUUCAAGCAAACACAACAAUUAGACAAAUAUUGUACCUGGAUAUGCUGGUUCAGCAUGCUGUCGUCUUCCUCUGCCUGAACAUCUUCUUCAGCUGGUUCAUCUUCUUCCUCAACAUCUUCUACCAUGAUCGGUGCUGCCUGCCGCUGCCUGCCGCUGCCUGAGCGACUUGAACUAGCACCACCUCGUCCCGACGUCGCGACUACCUGCUUGCCACGACGAUCCUGGGGCCUCACUGGGGGGAGACCUUGGCGAGGUGGACGACCCUGCCGAUGCGCCACACCGUCCGAUCUGGUCCGCUGGAGGGGCACACCAUGGCCGGCCGCACUCCCCUGAUGAAAAAGUUGCGUGUACAUGCCCAUGUUGGGGUAGGAGGCGGUGACGGCGGAGUCGGCGUUGAGGUCGAUGUUCUCCAGCCCGAUGGGAGCGCGGAGCCCCCCGGCCACCGAGCCGCGGCCGAGCCCCCCGGCCACCGAGCCACGGCCGAGCCCCCUGCCACCAAGCCGCGGUCGGCGGAUCCCCGGAGACGAGGGGGCGUCAUCCCCCACCCGUCCUCGUCGAUGUGGUGCGCCGCAGCACCGGAAGACGCCGUCUGCGAGAAGAAAUCAAAGGGGAGUUCGCCGUCGCCGUCCAUGGUACGGACGCGGGAGCGCGGCACGGCGGAGUGCUGCGGGCGCGGCGGGAGUGCGGCGGCGGCGGUGGAAAGGGAGUACGGACGCGGAGCGGCGCGGCGGAGUGCUGCGGCGGCGGCGGAGUGCGGUGGCGGCGGUGGAAAGGGGAGCGGCGGCGGUGGAAAGCGGAGCGGCAGCCCCCUGCGUGCGAAUGGGAUGGGGCGGGAUGGGGCGGCAGAUGCGUUGCCGAUGGGCCCGCCAAUUAAUUAGAGGAGAGAAAAGUCACUUUUAGUUGGGGGUGGGGUGACUAGGGACUAAACUAGUUUUAGUCACCCAUUAGUCAGGGGUGUUUGGAGGUUUACUGACUAAAAGUGACUACUACUAGUCUCUAGUCUCUAGUCACUAGUGAUCCAAACACCCUCUAAGUAUAGGAGGUCAUGGAGGUCAUGUUGUUGGACAAAAAUGAACCUACGAGCUAUGGAGAAGCGAUGGUGGGCCCGAAUUCUGACAAAUGGCUGGAGGCCAUGAAAUCCGAGAUAGGAUCCAUGUAUGAAAACAAAGUGUGGACUUUGGAAGAACUACUUGAUGGACGUAAGGCUAUUAAAUAGAAGUGGAUCUUUAAAAGGAAGACAGACGAUGAUGGUAAAUGUCGUCAUUUCGAAAGCUUGACUUGUGGCAAAGAAGUUUCCGACAAGUUCAAGGAGUUGAAUACAAUGAGAUUUUCUCACCCGUAGCGAUGCUAAAGUUUGUUAAAAUUAUGUUAGUAGUUGCUGCAUUAUUUAUGAAAUCUUGCAGAUAGGUUGUUAAAACAUUGUUUCCUCGACAGUUUCCUUGAGGAAACGUUGUAUGUGAUACAACGAGAAGGUUUUGUCGAUCCUAAGGAUGCUAACAAGUAUGCAAUCUCCAGCGAUCCUUCUAUGGACUGGAGCAAGCAUCUCGGAGUUGGAAUAUACGCUUUGAUGAGAUGAUCAAAGCUUUUGGUUUUAUACAAAGUUUAUGAGAAACUUGUAUUUCCAAGAAAGUGAGUGGGAGCACAAUAGAAUUUCUCAUAAGUAUAUGUGGUUGACAUAUUGUUGACCGGAAAUGAUGUAGAAUUUCUCGAAAGCAUAAAGGGUUGUUUGAAAGGAGAUUUUCAAAGGAAAACAUGGAUUGAACUACUUGAACAUUGAGCAUCAAGAUCUAUAGAGAUAGAUCAAGAUGCUUGCUAUAACUUUCAAUGAAUACAUACCUUGACAAGUUUUGAAGGAGUUCAAAGUAGAUCGGUCAAAGAAGAACUUCUUGACUAUGUUGUAAAGGUUUGAAAUUUGAGUAAGACUCAAAGCCCGACCACGACAGAAGAAAGAGAAAGGACAAAGGUUGUCCCCUAUGCAUUGGCCAUAGGCUCUAUAAUAUGCUAUGCUGUGUAGCACACCUGAUGUGUGCCCUGUGAUGAAUUUGUCAAGGGGUACAAAAGUGAUCCAGGAAUGGAUUACUGGACAACGGUCAAAAGUUAUCCUUAGUAACUAGUGGAGUAAGGAAUUUUUUCUCGAUUAUGGAAGUGAUAAAAGAGUUUGUCGUAAAGGGUUACGCCGAUGCAAGAUUUGGCACUAAUCCAGAUAACUCCGAGUAGUAAACCGGAUUUGUAUAGUGGAGUAGUCAUUUGGAAUUGUUCCAAAUGGUGCGUGGUAGCAGCAUCUACAGGAUGACAUAGAGAUUUGUGAAGCACACACGAAUUUGAAAGUUUUAGACCCAUUGACUAAAAACCUCUCUCACAAGCAAGACAUGAUCAAACCCGAGAACUGUAUGGGUGUUAGAUUCAUUACAAUCACAUAGUGAUGUGAACUAGAUUAUUGACUCUAGUGCAAGUGGGAGAUUGUUGGAAAUAUGCCCUAGAGGAAAUAAUAAAUUAGUUAUUAUUAUAUUUCCUUGUUCAUGAUAAAUCAUUUAUUGUCCAUGCUAGAAUUGUAUUGAUUGGAAACUCAAAUACAUGUGUGGAUACAUAGACAACACACUCUCCCUAGUAAGCCUCUAAUUGACUAGCUCGUUGAUGAAAUAUGGUCAAGGUUUCCCGGCCAUACACAUGAGAUUACCUGGGCCAAGGAGCCGCUCGAGUCUACCGACCAGACAGUUGGCAUCGACGGGGCUGCGGACAAGGAGAAUGGUGCGAUCCAUGCGAAUAACGUGGCCGACGUCCGGUGCAAGUAUGAUGCGGCUGAUCUCUAGUGCAAGUACGACACAGACGGUCAUUGCCCAUUCCUCGUGAGAAAUCAGGCUACUAACGCGUUGUGGACACAGCUGCGAUGUCAGGUCGAGUGGGACAGUACGGAAGCAGGGUUGGAACCGCUCUUGCAAUGUCGUGCACCGCUCCUCUCGCUCUGCGGACCUCCAUUGGUCUUGCGGUGCGGCACACUAUACCCUCUCUGUGCGGAUACACAUGUUUUGCUCUAGGGAGCACCACCGAUGAUCUCCUUGUUCGGCUCGCUGUAGCCUCUCAGCGGUGAUGCGUCAAUGUUGCUCGGCGGCGCUGCCACGCCCUCGCCAAGGGUCUGCUCAACCCUUGCGAUGACACGCAUCACAACAUUAUCCGGCGCGUCGUCAGGCACGCCAUUAGCCUCGACGGGGCAUUGUGCCUGCACUAGAUCGUUUUCGUCGUCGAGGAGGUUGAUGGUAGAUGCAGUGUUUGAUCGGGUUGGCAUGCUUGGUAGAUGGUAUAGGCUGCACUAGGUGUGCAUCCGCGUGUGUGACGUGCUCACUCUUAUGCUCAUUCGCUAGUCUCUAGAAACCAAUGGGCAAGCUUGCACGGGAAUCUGCGUGGUUGCACGCGGUAACGUGGCUAAAAGAAAUGCUUAUGCGGUGCCGAAGGUGCACUUGAUUCCUCGGGCGGCAACAUGGUGAAAAAACGGGACACAUGAGGAAGAAAUGGUAAGUUCACAAACGCGAUUAUUAAUAAUAAAAAAAUGUCUGCGUUGCACUAUCCAUUUACAUGCCUCCAUGCGUCCCCCUUAUUUUAUUGGCUUGGAGGUGUUGUGGGUGCCGUUUUCAUUAGACGGCACACGUGGGAGCAGUCCACCACGCAUGCCGAGAGGAACACAUCCGAGCAGUCUAGGAAUCGAGCCCUUUGUCAUCCACCCACAGCCCGCCUUGCUCCCAAGUUAUCCAUUAAUGCUCAAUGAUACUUGUGAUCAGCGUUGGAUUUUCCGUGAUGAGUAACAGGUUAUUGCAACAUAAUGUGGGUAAAUAUUUCUUCACUUAUGAAAUUAAGGUUCAUCAGACCAAUAGGAAUAUCAACCACAACCGCCUUGAGCGGCUCCACACAAAAGAACAAACAACUUGCAUCCAAUGCGGGCAAGAGGGUUGUCAAUCCCCUUGGUCUCUUAUUUGCAAGCAAGUGAGACGUGUAGAUAAUUCUAGAUAAUUAUAAAUUGCAAAAUAAAAUAAAAACAAGUAAAUGGAUAUAAGGUAUUGAAGGUUCUCUAAAUAUAUAGUGAAUAGACCCGGAGGCCAUAGUUUUUCCUAAUGGCAUCUCUCAUGAAAAACACCAUACGGUGGGUAAACAAAUUACUGUUGGGCAAUUGAUAGAAGAAUGGAUAGUUAUGCGAUAUUCACGGCAAUGAUCAUGUGUAUAUAUGCAUCAUGUCCAUAAACAAAUAGGCCGACCCCUGCCUACACCUAUUACUAUUAUUCUACUCACCGACCGCUAUCCAACAUGCAUCUAGAGUAUUAAGUAAAAUAGAGUAAUGCAUGGAGAACGAUGACAUGAUGUAGACAAAGUAAACUGAAGCAAUAUGAACACACCCUAUCGUUUUAUCUUUAGUAGCAGCAAUACAAGGAUGCAUCUUGUCCCCUUCUGUCACUGAGAUAUAGAAAUUCACCACAUUGAACCUACUACAACACACCUCUCUCACCGAAGAAGUAUCAAUCUACUUGGCCAAACUAUUUCAAUAGAUCGGAGAGAAUUACAAAGUUAUCAUGAUCACGCACAUAAAAAUCAUACUAGUAUUCAGAGAAGACUCAAAUAUCUAUCAUGAAUAAUCUGAACAUAAACCCACAAUUUAUCAGAUCCCAACAAACGCACCGCUCAAAAGGAAUUACAUCAUGUGGAUCAAAGCGAAGAUGCGAUGAUCAUUGCAUUGAAGAUCAAGAGAGAGGGAGAGAGAUUGCCAUCUAGGUACUAGCUAUAGACCCGUAGGUCUAUGGUGAACUACUCACACAUCAUCACGAGGGCAGCAAGGUUGAUGAAGAGGCCCUCCGUGAUCGACCCCCCUCUGGCAGGGUGCCGGAACAGAGCUCUAGAUGGCCUCCCAUCAGAACAGAGACUUGGGGCGGCGUAAAAAGUGUUUUGAGACUACCUCUAGGAUUUUUAGGACAUAUGAGAAUUUAUAAGCCAAAGAAAGGAGUCGGGAGGGCCUCGAGGGGCCCACAAGCCAUCAGGGCGCCCCCAAGGCUGCGACGUGUUCGAUUGUGGGGCCCUCGAGUGGCCUCCAGCCUUGGUUUUGAUGCAUCACAGUCGAGGCAUCAAUAAGGCCCUUGAGUUUGUAUGGAAAAAACUCAAUAAGGCCCUUGAGUUUGUAUGGAAAAACUCAAGGCUGGAGGCCACUCGAGGGCCCCACAAUCGCACACACAAGUCUUUUCUGGAUCGUAUUUGAUGGGUCCGCUAUCGCACACAGUUCACGUUACUCGUGAUGGAGCUUGAAAUAUACAAUUUGUGAUUCAUGCAUGGCACACAGUUUUGUCGAAGGGUGUCUUAUUGAUGUGUCAUUUUUGGACCAUCCUGCAGUAGUGAAUCAUGUAUUUAACCACCGAUCCAUGACUACAAGAUCUAGAGCUAUAUGUGAUGGCACGCCAGUAUCAUCACCCACCCUCACCGGAGCCGGACAAAUCUUGUUGUAGAAGAUACUCCAAAAGUCACCAUGUUAUGGCUCCACAUGACAAACACACAAGAGAAACAAUCAUCAGCGAUGAAGAGAGUUAUAGAUCUAAGCAUCAAACCAAUAAACACACCAAAGUAGUCUGGAUCCAAAUAGAUCCACUGAUGGCCAACAUCGACCUAAUCUUGCGAGAUUUGAUGGAGACAUGCCUCCAAACAUUUUCUAGUGAUGUUAGACAAACCAUCAAGACGUGAAUCAAACAUGGGAGACAUUAUUCGACAUAGGUAUAUUGGGGCAUCCAUAGAGCCCUAACCAAGAUGCCAAACCUAACAAGAACUAGAGCGCUGUCCUUCCCUUCAGUGAGGGACUGAGGUCCUGUGCACCUUCACGACCCAAAAAUUAAUGGAGCAGAGGUGGAGCACUCAAAAUCAAUAAUAAUUUUGUAAAUGCUAUAAGUCUAAUUUUAAUGAGCAGUCCUCCAAUAAUAGCUUUGUUUCUAAUGUUCAAAUGUGGCCAAGUUAGAAAACACGACUAGGUUGAGAGAUCCUAAACUAAGUUUCUAAUGUUCUAGCCAAUACCUUUGACCAGCACAUGUUUUUUUUGACAAAGUUGCUUGCAAAUCGUCCAUAAAAGGUGAUACUUCAAUGUAUCUUUAGUAACCAGUAUGGGGUUAUCUAAUGUCCCUUGACACAUGAUUUUCAUGCUUGGACACUUGAGUACCUUCACCAAUCCCACAUGUCUAAGAGCAUCUCCAGCCGUUUGCCCCCCCAGCGCACCUGGCAUAGGGUCUAAGGCGUUCCAGCCGGCGUUCUUUAGGUUUGGGGGGUCACAUUCCCGGUCGCACCACCAAGUUUUGGCCCCCACGCGCACAUAAAAUUAGAAGUUUUCUUUGCCGCUACAAAAAAGAUGCAUGUUCGGCGACCAUCAGGCCACAGGUCGGCGAUCGCCACAACAGGUUGGCGAUCAUCAUGCCAAUACUUCAUGAUCAUCAUGCCAAUAGUUCUGCGAUAAAAAAUACGGGAGCCGUAAACAUAGAACUCAAAUGACAAGCUCCUCAUCUCCUACAGGGGCGGGACACGUCGGCAUACGUGGCGGGGUUGUAGUGCUCCGCGUUGGUGUGGCUGCCGUCGGCGUUGGUGAUGUGGUCCUCAUACGUCUCCAACAUAUCUAUAAGUUUUUAUUGUUCCAUGCUAUUAUAUUAUUUGUUUUGGAUGUUUUAUAUGCAUUUAUAUGCUGUUUUAUAUUAUUUUUGGGACUAACCUAUUAAUCUAGAGCCUAGUGGCAGUUUCUAUUUUUUUCCACGUUUUUGAAUAUUGUAGAUAAGGAAUAUUAAACGGAGUCCAAACGGAAUAAAAUCUCCAGAAAGAUUUUUUUGGACCAGAAGACAGGCAACAGACUUGGAGUAGGGGGCAAGGAAGUUGCCGUAGGCCACAAGCCUACAGGGCGCGCCCUUGGGGGGCGGCCGCGCCCCCUGACUUGUGGACCCCCUACAGGUCUCCUAACCCUAAUUCUUGGCCUAUAAAUUCUCAAAUAUUCCAAAAAUACCAAAAAGAGCAACGAUAAUACUUUUACCCCGCCGGGAGCCUCUGUUUUCGAGAGAUCCAAUCUGGGAGCCUUUUUAAUUUCCCGGAGAGGGAAUUGAUCACGGACGGCUUCUACAUCAACUCCAUUGCCCCUCCAAUGAUGUUUCAGUAGCUUACCACAGACCUACGGGUCCGUAGCUAGUAGCUAGAUGGCUUCUUCUCUCUCUUUGAUGUUCAAUACCAUGUUCUUCAUGAUCUUCAUGGAGAUCUAUCCGAUGUAAUACUCUUUUGCGGUGUGUUUGCUGAGAUCCAAUGAACUGUGUGCUUAUGUUCAGAUUAUCCAUGAAUAUUAUUUGAGUCUUGAUGACCCACAAGUAUAGGGGAUCAAUCAUAGUCCUUUCGAUAAGUAAGAGUGUCGAACCCAACGAGGAGCAGAAGGAUCUGACAAGUGGUUUUCAGCAAGGUAAAAUCUGCAGGCACUGAAAUUUUCGGUAACAAGUGAUUGUGUGGUGAGAUGAUUCGUAGCAAGCAACAAGUAACAAAAGUAGCAAUGGUGCAGCAAAGCGGCCCAAUCCCUAUUGUAGCAAGGGACAAGCCUGGACAAAGUCUUAUAUGAGGAAAAACGCUCCCGAGGACACACGGGAAUUUCUGUCAUGCUAGUUUUCAUCAUGUUCAUAUGAUUCGCGUUCGUUACUUUGAUAGUUUGAUAUGUGGGUGGACCGGCGCUUGGGUACUGCCCUUACUUGGACAAGCAUACCACUUAUGAUUAACCCCUCCCGCAAGCAUCCGCAACUACGAAAGAAGAAUUAAGACAAAGUCUAACCAUAGCAUUAAACUGGUGGAUCCAAAUCAGCCCCUUACGAAGCAACGCAUAAACUAGGGUUUAAGCUUCUGUCACUCUAGCAACCCAUCAUCUACUUACUACUUCCGAAUGCCUUCCUCUAGGCCUAAAUAAUGGUGAAGUGUUAUGUAGUCGACGUUCACAUAACACCAUGCUACGGCAACAAAAGUCGUUCCCAUGCAACGCCAGGAAUUCUUCUUGCUACUUCUCUUGUUUGCGUCGGUUUUUCCCUUGAAGAGGAAAGGGUGAUGCAGCACAGGAGCAGUAAGUAUUUCCCUCAGUUUGAGAACCAAGGUAUCGAUCCAGAAGGAGGGUCUCGUCAAGUCCAGAGUACCUGCGCAAACACAAAGAAGCUUGCACCCAACGCUUCAAAUGGGUUGUCAAUCCCUCCAAGAUUGUUUGUAAAGUGAGAUCUUAAGGCGGAAAGUGCAACAAAGUAAAAGGUACAAGGCUGAAAAUAUGGUGUGGAGUAGACCCGGGAGCCAUAGUGUUCACUAGAGGCUUCUCCCAAAAUAGAAAAUAUCACGGUGGGUGAACAAAUUACUGUCGAGCAAUUGAUAGAACCGCGCAAAGUCAUGACGAUAUCUAAGGCAAUGAUCAUACAUAUAGGCAUCACGUCCGAGACAAGUAGAUCUAUACUUUAUGCAUCUACUACUAUUACUCCACACAUCAACCGCUAUCCAUCAUGCAUCUAAUGUAUUGAGUUCAUGACGAACAGAAUAACGCCUUAAGCAAGAUGACAUGAUGUAGAGGGAUAAUCUCAAACCGAUGAUGAAAACCCCAUAUUUUUACCCUUGAUGGCAACAACAUGAUGCGUGCCUCGCUACCCCUUCUGUCACUGGGUGAGGUCACCGCAUGGUACGAACCCAAAACCAAGCACUUCUCCCAUUGCAAGAAUCAUAGAUCUAGUUGGCCAGACUAAACCCACAACUCGAAGAGAAUUACAAGGAUAUUAAAUCAUGCAUAAGAGAGAUCAGAAGAAACUCAAAUAAGAUUCAUAGAUAAUCUGAUCAUAAAUCCACAAUUCAUCGGAUCUCGACAAACACACCGCAAAAGAAGAUUACAUCGAAUAGACCUCCAUGAAGAUCAUGGAGAACUUUGUAUUGAAGAUCCAAGAGAGAGAAGAAGCCAUCUUGUUACUAGCUAUGGACCCGUAGGUCUAUGGUGAACUACGCAUGCAUCAUCGGAGAGGUCCUGGUGUUGAUGAAGAAUCCCUCCAUGUUCGAAUCCCCCUCUGGCAGGGCACCAAAACGUGCCCCAGAUGGGAUCUUGUGGAGACACAAGCUUGCGGCGGCGGAAAAGUGAUUUCGAUCAUCUCCUGAUUUUUUUGGGAUUUUUAGGGAAUAUAUAGGCGCAACCCCUAGGGCAGAGGGCGCCCAGGGGGCCCACAAGCCUGUGGGCCACGGCCUACCCCCCUGGCCGCGGGGUGGGGGCUUGUGGGGCCCCUGAGGCUCCCCUGCCUUGGCUCCCAAGCUUCCCGAUCUUCUUCCGUUACGGGAAAAAAUCUUUUCGGGGAUAUGCUUCCGUUUGGACUCCGUUUCAAAAUCUCCCCUGAAAGGGUUCAAAAACAUGGAAAAAACAGGAACUGGCACUGGGCACUGAGUUAAUAAGUUAUCCCAAAAAAUACAUAAAAGGCAUGCAAAACAUCCAAAGUUUGAAAAGAUAAUAGGAUGAAACCAUAAAAAAUUAUAGAUACGUUGGAGACGUAUCAAGCAUCCCCAAGCUUAAGUCCUGCUCGUCCUCGAGUAGGGAAGUGAUAAAGAACGAAUUUUUGAUGUGGAAUGCUACCUAGCAUAGUUGUCCUUUGCAACUUAUUUCAUGUGACAUGAAUGUUCAGAUCCAUAAGAUUCAAAACAAUAGUUUUCUAUUGACAUGAAAACAAUAAUACUUCAAGCAAACUAGCAAGGUAAUCAUGAACUUUCAAAAUAACAAGGCCAAGGAAAGCUAUCCCUACAAAAUCAUAUAGUCUGGCUAUGCUCCAUCAUCCUCACACAACUAAUGUAAAUCAUGCACAACCCCGGUAUUGGCCAAGUAAUUGUUUUUGCACUCUUACUUUCUCAAAAUUUUUAUAACUAUCACGCAAUACAUGAUCGUGAGCCAUGGAUAUAGCACUAUAGGUGGAAUAGAGUGUGGUGGUGGUUGUGAGACAAAAAGGAAGAGAUGGUCACAUUGACUCGGCGUAUCAAAGGGCUAUGGAUAUGCCCAUUAAUAGAUAUCAAUGUGAAUGAGUAGGGAUUGCCAUACAAGAGAUGCACUAGAGCUAUAAGUAUGUGAAAGCUCAAAAGGAAAACUAGUGGGUGUGCAUCCAACUUGCCUGCUCACGAAGACCUAGGGUAAUUGAGGAAGCCCAUCAUUGGAAUAUACAAGCCAAGUUAUAUAAUGAAGAUUCCCACUAGCAUAAGGUAGUGACAAAGCAAGAAGCUCUCAAUCAUGAAGAACAUGGUGCUAUUAUGUAGCACAAGUGUGGAGAAAGAUAGUAGCAUUGUCCCUUCUCUCUUUUUCUCUCCUUUUUUUCAUUUGGGCUCUUAGGAUCUUUUUUUGGUUUUUGGGCUCUUUGGCCUCUUUUUUAUUUUUUUUAUUUUUAUUUCCUCACAUGGGACAAUGCUCUAAUAAUGAUGAUCAUCACACUUUUAUUUACUCACAGCUUCAAAACUCAAAAUGAUGAUGACUCUACAGGAAAUGCCUCCGGUAGUGAACCAGGAUGUGCAAUGAUCUAGCAUGGCGUAUGACGUUGAGAACAUCUCGCUAGCUAUCUUACGAUCAUGCAAUGGCAAUAUGAGAGUGACGACACAAGUCAUGAGACGGAACGGUGGGAGUUGCGUGGCAAUAUAUCUCGGAAUGGCUAUGAAAAUGCCAUAGUAGGUAGGUAUGGUGGCUGUUUUGAGGAAGGCAUAUGAUGGGUUUGUGUAUCGGCGAGAAUUGCGCGGCACUAAAGAGGCUAGCAAUGGUGGAAGGUGAAAGUGCAUCUAUACCAUGGACUCACAUUAGUCAUGAAGAACUCACAUACUUAUUGCGGAAGUUUUUAUUAGUAAUCGAAACAAAGUGCUAAACGCAUACUCCUUGGGGAAGGGUUGGUAGGUGUUAACCAUCGCGCGAUCCCGACCUCAACACAAAGGAUGACAAUCAAUUGAUCAAUUAGGAUCCGACUUCCUAACAUAGCGGUUCACCAUACGUGCAUGCUACGGGAAUCACUAACUUCAACACAAGUAUUUCAAGAUUCACAACACCCUACUAACAUAGCUCUCAAUAUUACCAAAUCCACGUCUCAAAACUAACUGAGAGGAAUCAAAACUUCUCUUUCUACUCAAUGCACAUGAAGAUGGAGGUUUUUGCAUCCUCUUUGGGUACCUAUCACAUUUGGGACUACUUUCAUAGCAUAAGCCAACUACCAAAUCACGCAUCGCCGUGCUCUAAAAGAUAUAAGUGAAGCACUAGAGCAAAAGUGUCUAGCUCAAAAUAUAUAAGUGAAGCACUAUGAGCAUUCUAGUAAAAUCACAAUGUGCAGCAAGGAUGAUUGUGACACAACAAAAGAAAAGACUCAUAAGAUACAAGACGCUCCAAGCAAAACACAUAUCAUGUGGUGAAUAAAAAUAUAGCUCCAAGUAAUGUUACUGAUGGAUUGAAGACGAAAGAGGGAUGCCUUCCCGGAGCAUCCCCAAGCUUAAGAUUUUUCGUGUCCUUGAAUUUGGCUUGGGAUGCCUUGGGCAUCCCCAAGCUUGAGCUAUUUCCACUCCUUAUCUCAUCGUCCAUGAGAACAUCACCCAAAACAUGAAAACUUCACAACACAAAACUUAAACAGAAAUUCGUGAUAACAUUAGUACAAGAAAACAAACUACCACUUCUUUUGGUACUGUAGCAAACUUGAAUCUAUCUAUAUUGGUGUUGGGCUACUGUAUUCUCACUUUUCCAUGGCUAGUACCCCCGAUACUAACCAUAGUUUCAUCAAAACAAGCAACCAACUCAACAAAAACAGAAUCUGUCAAAAACAGACCAGUCUGUAGCAAUCUGUAUACUUCGUAUACUUAUGGUACCUAAAAAAAUUUGAAAAAUUACGAAUGCCUGGGAAAACGGCAUAUCAACCAGCUGGAAAAAGAAUCAACUCAAAAUCUCUUUCUGAAUAAAAAUUAAAAAUCAUCUCGUGAGCGAAAAGUUUCUGUCUUUUUCCAGCAGGAUCAAACAACCAUUACCAAGACUAGUCAUAAAGGUUUUGCUUGGCUCAAACACAAAAACAAACACGAAAAACACAAUCACAACAGAAUUAUGAUGGCGUGGACGCAACAAAACAGAAAUAAAAAGAUAAAUUCAUUGGGUUGCCUCCCAACAAGCGCUAUUGUUUACCGCCCUUAGCUAGGCAUUGAUAAUUCAAUGAUGCUCACACAAAAGACAAGAAUUGAAGCACAACGAGAGCAUCAUAAAGCAUGUGAAAAUCAGAUCUAAGUCUAACAUACUUCCUAUGCAUAGGCAUUUUAUAGGAAAACAAAUUGUCAUGAUAACCAAUAGUUACCAUAUGCAAGGAAGAAGAAAGAGACCAUAACAAUCUCAACAUAACGAGAGGUGAUUUAGUGAUAUGAAAGUUUCUACCACCAUAUUUUCCUCUCUCAUAAUAAUUACACGUGGGAUCAUAUUCGAAUUCAACAAUGUAACUAUCACAUAGGAUAUUCUUUCAUGAUCCACAUGCAUGCAAAGUUGACGCUCUUCAAAAAUAGUGGGAUUAUCAUCAACUAAAGUCAUGACUUCUCCAAACCCACUUUCAAUAAUAUUGCAAAUAUCAUAUUCAUCAUGAGGCUUAAACAAAUUUUCAAGAUCAUAAGAAAAAUCAUCGCCCCACUCAUGAUCAUUGCAACAAGUAGUGGACAUAGCAAAACUAGCAUCCCCAAGCUUAGGGUUUUGCAUAUUUUAGCAUGAUUGUCACUAAUAGAAUUUAUAGUGAAACCAUUGCAAUCAUGCUUUUCUUCCAAGGAGCCCUCGUGAAUCACUUCAUAAAUUUCUUCCUCACAAUUUUCAUAUUCACGCAUCUCAAGCAAAACCCCAUAAAGAUAGUCAAGUGCACUCAACUCACUAGCAAUUGGAUCAACAUAAUUGGAUCUCUUAAAGAGAUUAGCAAGUGGAUGAGGAUCCAUAUCACUAGAUUUUCAGCAAGCGAAGAUGCAAGCAUAUUGAAGGCACAUGGCACACAAGCGGACAGAAAGAAGGCGAGAAAAAGAUCGAACGAAAAGGCAACGAAAAAGGCAAAUUGUGAAGUGGGGGAGAGGAAAACAAGAGGAAACUGGCUAAUAAAGUAAAUGCAAGAGAUGAGUUCGUGACACCUACUUGGAUGAGUUCUUGACUUGAUCCUCCUCCCCGGCAACGGCGCCAGAAAUUCUUCUGCUACGGCAACAAAAGUCCUUCCCAAGCAACGCCAGGAAUUCGUCUUGCUAAUUCUCUUGUUUGCGUCGGUUUUUCCCUUGAAGAGGAAAGGGUGAUGCAGCACAGGAGCAGUAAGUAUUUCCCUCAGUUUGAGAACCAAGGCAUCGAUCCAGAAGGAGGGUCUCGUCAAGUCCAGAGUACCUGCGCAAACACAAACAAGCUUGCACCCAACGCUUUAAAGGGGUUGUCAAUCCCUCCAAGAUUGUUUGCAAAGUGAGAUCUGAAGGAGGAAAGUGCAACGAAGUAAAAGGUAUAAGGCUGAAAAUACGGUGUGAAGUAGACGCGGGGGCCAUAGUGUUCACUAGAGGCUUCUGUCAAAAUAGCAAAUAUCACAGUGGGUGAACAAAUUACUGUCGAGCAAUUGAUAGAACCGCGCAAAGUCAUGACGAUAUCUAAGGCAAUGAUCAUACAUAUAGGCAUCACGUCCGAGACAAGUAGACCGAUACUUUUUGCAUCUACUACUAUUACUCCACACAUCGACCUCUAUCCAGCAUGCAUCUAGUGUAUUGAGUUCAUGACGAACAGAGUAACGCCUUAAGCAAGAUGACAUGAUGUAGAGGGAUAAUCUCAAACCAAUGACGAAAACCCCAUCCUUUUACCCUUGAUGGCAACAACAUGAUGCGUGCCUUGAUUCCGUGACAACAGACCUUCCCCUGCAACGGCACCAGAAGAAUGCCGCUAGCACUCUCCGGCAAUCGAAACUAGCAGAAUGUUGUUGACGGCCCACCAGCGCGUGGGAUCGCAACAGUUUUCAAGGGUAGAGUAUUCGACCCAAAUUUGUUGGUACGCCUAUAGGAGGUGAGAGGAUACUCUCAAGUAUUAGCAGCUGAAUGUGUCAGAUUCAACCACACCUGAAAAAUUAGUAUCUGCAAGCAAAUUAGUAACAACAAAGUAGUAUGAUAACAACGGUGUCAGAAACGAUCUGUUGACGACAGACUAUUCCUAACGAUUGUAUCAAUGGCGCAAGUUGCCCGUUGACGGAAAUUGUCUUUUCCCGUCAACGUCGAGCGAAUCAAGAUUGUAGCAGGUAGCAACAGUGUAACGAGUAAUAGCAGCGGCAAGGAACAACAGUAGUGACAGCAGUAGCAAGUAGCAACAGUAGCAAGCGACAGUAGUAGCAACAGUAGCAGCAGAGCAAGACAAGUAACAACAGCAGAUCAAGACAAGUAACAGCAGCAGAGCAAGACAAGUAAUAGCAGCAGAGCAAGACAAGUAAUAGCAGCAGAGCAAGACAAGUAACAGCAGCAGUAGGACAAACUCGUAGGCAAUGGGUCAGUGAUUUGUUUGGAUGAUAUUCAUCAUGCAACAAUUAUAACACGGAGAGAUAUGUGGCUAGCUCCCGUUCGUCAAUGUGAUGUAGGCAUGCAUUCCAUGUGUCGUCAUACGUGCUUAGGGAAAAGAACUUGCAUGACAUCUAUUGUCCAUCCCUCCCGUGGCAGCAGGGUCCAAAAGGAAACUACGGGAUAUUAUGGUUCUCCUUUUAAUAAAGAACCGGACCAACGCAUUAGCACUUGGUGAACACAUGAACUCCUCAAACUAUGGCCAUCAUCGGGAGUGGUUCCGGUUAUUGUCACUCCGGGGUUGCCGGAUCAUAACACAUAGUAGGUAACUACAACUUGCAAGAUCGGAUCUAAAACACACAUAUAUUGGUGACAACAUAAUAAUUUCAGAUAUAAAAUCAUGGCACUCGGGCCCUAGUGACAGGCAUUAAGCAUGGCAAAGUAGUAGCAACAUCAAUCUCAGAACAUAGUGGAUACUAGGGAUCAAUCCCCGUCAAAACUAACUCGAUUACAUGAUAGAUCUCAUCCUACUCAUCACCGCCCAGCGAGCCUACGAAUAGAUUACUCACGAACGACGAAGAGCUUCAUGUAAUUGGAGAGGGAAGAAGGUUGAUGAUGACGAUGGCAACGAUUUCCCCUCUCCGGAGCCCAAAACGGACUCCAGAUCUGCCCUCCAGAUGAACAACAGGUUGUGGCGGCGCCUCCAUAUCGCAAACGCGACGAAAUCUUAUCUCUUGAUUUUUUCUGGGACGAAAGUGAACUUAUAGAGCUGAGAUUGGGGGCGGUAGAGCCACGUGGGCCCCACAAGCUUGCCAUCCGCCACCAGGGGGGUGGCGACAACAGGGCUUGUGGCCCACUGGCCCACCCCCAUCUUUGCGCAGGUAUUUAUCAUAUUUUCCAAAAAUAUUCCCCGUAAAUUUUCAGGACGUUCUAAGAACUUUGAUUUCUGCACAAAAAUAAUACCAAGGCAAUUUUGCUGAAAACAGCGUUAGUCCAGGUUAGUUCCAUUCAAAUCAUGCAAAUUAGAGUCCAAAACAAGGGCAAAAGAGUUUGGAAAAGUAGAUACGAUGGAGACGUAUCAACUCCCCCAAGCUUAAAACCUUGCUUGUCCUCAAGCAACUCAGUUGACAAACUGAGAGAGAAAGAAAAACUUUGACAAACUCUGUUUAAUCUUGUUGUUGCAACUAUGUCUAACUCAUAACCAGAAUUUCAGCAAGAUCACAAGUUAACCACAUAAGCAAGUGAGACAAAGGUCUCACGGUAAACUAAUAUCAAUGGCAUAAUCAGCUAACGAGCAAAUAAUAAUGAGUUUCAAAUACCAACACUUCAAUCAAAACAAGCAUGAAGCAAUAUGAAUAAGUGCUAUCUCGCUAGCUCUUUCGGACACCGCAAAACAUAAAUGCAUAACACUUUCAAUGAUCUAGGGCUGACUAAACAUUGUAAUUCAUAGCAUGAAGAUCCAGUCAUAGUCAUACUCAAUAUCAAUCAAAAGCAAAGCAUAAAAAUGACAGAGGUGCUCUCUAAUUGGUGCUUAUAUAAGAAGAGGAUGACUCGACAGGAAAAUAAAUAGACAUGCCCUUCGCAGAGGGAAGCAUUGAUUUGCACAGGUGCCAGAGCUCAAGCUUUGAAAACAGAGAUAAUAAUUUUGGGUGGCAUGCUUUCAUUGUCAACGCAAGGACCAAGAGUUCUCAAUAUCUUCCAUGCUACUCAUGCUAUAGGCGGUUCCCAAAGAGAAAAGUAAAGUUUUAACUCCCCCACCACCAAUCAAUCACACUCCACGGCUAGCCGAAUCCUCGGGUACCGUCCAUACUAACAUCAAUCCGGGGGGAGUCUUGUUUUACAGUUAUGUUUUCGAUUUAAGCAUGGAACUGGGCAUUCCAAUUACCGGCCCCUUUCUCGUGAAUGACAGUGAAUAAACACAUGUCGAGGAUAACACUCCUAGCAUGGAAGAUACCAAUAGCCCAUGUCACCACAUGAGCGGUUCGGGCAUGCAAAACAGAUUAUUUCUUGAAGGUUUAGAGAGUGGCACAUGCAAAUUUACUUGGAACGACAGGUAGAUACCGCAAAUAGGUAGGUAUGGUGGACUCUCAUGGAAAAACUUUUGGGUUUAUGGAAGUGGAUGCACAAGGAGUAUUCCGCUUAGUACAAGUGAAGGCUAGCAAAAGACUGGGAAGCGACCAACUAGAGAGCAACAACAGUCAUCAAGAUGCAAUGAGUUUGACUAACAUUGAAUGCAAGCAUGAACAAGAUAUAAAUCACCACGAACACAAACAUCAUAGAUGCUAUGUUGAUUUUGUUGCAACUACAUUUAUGAACAUGCGCCAAGUCAAGCCACUUGAAUCAUUCAAAGGAGAAUACCAUCCUAUCAUACUACAUCAUAGUCAUCUCAAAAUCUAUGUUGGCAUUCAAGACAAACCACUAUAAGCUCUCAGCUAAAUAAGCAUGGCAUCAGAAACUAUGAUCUCUAAGUUGUCAUUGCGAACAUGGUUCUCUCACAACAAAGCUGAAUCUGGGUCGACAAGCUAGUCAUAUUUACAAAAACAAAAUAGAUAGAGUUCAUACCAGCUUUUCAGUCUGAGUCACUUCAUGAUAUAUCAUCAUUAUUGCCUUUCACUUGCACGAUCGAACGAUGUGAACAAUAAUAAGAGUGCCCAUGCAUUGGACUAAGCUGAAUCUGCAGGCAAACACAAAGGAGAAGACAAAGUAAUAUGGCUCUUUGAAAGCUAAACAGGUAUGCAUGCAAGAACCACUAAACAUUGUAACCAAUAUCUUCUACCUUGAACCAAAGAAAAAGAAAACUAUUUACAAGGGAAAGCUCCCAACAAGCAAAAGAAGAAAGAAAAAUCUUUUUUGGUUUUCUCAAAAGGACACAAAACAAGAAAACGAAAAAAAAACCAGCAUGGAUAAUACAGUGGCAAAGUGUAAACACCGGCUAACAAAGUGAAAGCAUAAGCAUGAAUGUAAAGUCGGUGAGAACACGUACUCCCCCAAGCUUAGGCUUUUGGCCUAGCUUGGUCUACUCCCAUGGUGGGAAAUCACCAGCUCCGGGAUACUCUGGAGCAGACUGUGGAUGCCACUGCUGUGUGAGCUCCUCUGGCUCCCACUGAUAAACUGGCGUCUGGUACUCGAGUGGCGGCUCGGGCACGGGCACCUGUGGUUGGGCCAAGCCCUAAUAUGCGUAGAUGUCCGAGGGCAUAAUAGUGUACCUGCCUGCAUGAAGAUCGAACAAAGAAGGAGCAGGCAAAGUAAUAGUCUCUCGAGUACCCUGACUAAAUACCAGGUUAUAAAUCAUCCGUCUACUAGCAUCUCUAUCCAGAAAAUCAUGGCAAACCAUGCUGUCAUAAUCCAGAUAUUUCUCAGGGAGAAGCAUCUCUCCUUCCUCUCCCAGUCCAAUGAGUAUUGAUACGUCUCAAACGUAUCUAUAAUUUUUGAUGGUUUCACGCUGUUAUCUUGUCUUCUUUGGUUGUUUUAUGUACCUUCUAUAUCUUUUUUGGGACUAACUUAUUAAUUCAGUGCCAAGUGCCAGUUCCUAUUUUUUUCCGUGUUUUUGACUCUUUUCAGAUCUGAUUUUGGAACGGAGUCCAAACGGAAGAAAAACCCCAAAUGAUUUUUUCCCGAACGGAAGAAGAUCAGGGGGCCUUUGGGCCAAGUCAGGUGGGCUCGAGGGAGCCCACAAGCCCCCACUCCGCCACCAGGGGGAGGCGGCGGUGGGCAGGCUUGUGGCCUCCCUGGCCGCCCCUUGACCUAGAUCUUUGGCCUAUAAAUUCCCAAAUAUUCCGCAAAAAUUCAGGGGAGCCUUGAAAAUACUUUUCCGCCGCCGCAAGCUUCCGUUUCCGCGAGAUAUCAUCUCGAGACCCUUCCCGGCACCCUGCCGGAGGGGACUUUGGAGUUGGAGGGCUUCUUCAUCAUCAUCAUCGCCCCUCCAAUGACUUGUGAAUAGUUCACUUCAGACCUACGGGGUCCGUAGUUAGUAGCUAGAUGGCUUCUUCUCUCUCUUGGAUCUUCAAUACAAAGUUCUCCAUGAUCUUCAUGGAGAUCUAUCCGAUGUAAUCUUCUUUGGCGGUGUGUUUGUCGAGAUCCGAUGAAUUGUGGAUUUGUGAUCAGAUUAUCUAUGAUAUAUAUUUGAGUCUUUGCUGAUUUCUUAUAUGCAUGAUUUGAUAUCCUUGUAAGUCUCUCCGAGUCUUGGGUUUUGUUUGGCCAACUAGAUCUAUGAUUCUUGCAAUGGGAGAAGUGCUUGGUUUUGGGUUCUGCCAUGUGGUGACCUUUCCCAGUGAUAGUAGGGGCAUCAAGGAACACAUCAAGUAGUUGCCAUCAAGAGUAAAAAGAUGGGGUUUUUAUCAUUGGUUUGAGAUUAUCCCUCUACAUCAUGUCAUCUUGCUUAAGGCGUUACUCUGUUGUUAUGGACUUAAUACACUAGAUGCAUGCUGGAUAGCGGUCGACGUGUGGAGUAAUAGUAGUAGAUGCAGACAGUAUCGGUCUACUUGUUUUGGACGUGAUGCCUAUAGAAAUAAUCAUUGCAUAGAUAUCGUCACGACUUUGCGCGGUUCUAUCAAUUGCUCGACAGUAAUUUGUUCACCCACCGUCUACUUUCUUUCAUGAGAGAAGCCACUAGUAAACACUAGGGCCCCCGGGUCUAUUCACAUCCAUCGUUUACAUCUCCGCUUUUACUUUGCUUUGUUACUUUGUUGCUUUCAGUUCUCACUUGGCAAACAAUCUAUAAGGGAUUGACAACCCCUUCAUAGCGUUGGGAGCAAGUUUUUGUGUUUGUGCAGGAUCUUGAGAUACUCCUCCACUGGAUUGAUACCUUGGUUCUCAAACUGAGGGAAAUACUUACCACCACUACGCUACAUCACCCUUUCCGCUUCGAGGGAACACCAACGCAAGGCUCCAAGGCCACGGGGGAAAUCGUUUGCACACUUGCCUAGGAAGUCCCUUAAGGCGUAGCCGCAACAGAAAGAUCAAACCAAUUAUUCUCCCGUCGACGUGUCUAUUUCUGGCGCCGUUGGAAGGUCUUUUGUUGCAGUAGCAAGUAUCUCAAAGUGUCUGGCAAGACGGGUAGCAUAGAUACCUCCAUAGACGACACCCUUGGAACGGUUGGUGUUCAACCACUGGGCUACUAUAGCACCUAGGCUAUAAGUCUUAUCGUUAUAGAGGCCUUCGCGCAAAACCGCAAGGUGUGGAGAACUAAGUGAUCCAGCCUCCCCAAGGCCAAUCAAACGUGGCCCCCACAAGCUUGCCAUCCGCCACUAGGGGGGGGGGUGGCGGCUACAAGGCUUGUGGCCCACUGGCCCACCCCCUCAUGCGGGUCUUUGCGCAGGUAUUUUUCAUGUUUUCCAAAAAUAUUCCCCGUAAAUUUUCAGGACGUUCUCAGAACUUUGAUUUCUGCACAAAAAUAACACCAAGGCAAUUUUGCUAAAAACAGCAUUAGUCCAGGUUAGUUCCAUUCAAAUCAUGCAAAUUAGAGUCCAAAACAAAGGGCAAAAGAGUUUGGAAAAGUAGAUACGAUGGAGACGUAUCAUGCCUCGCUACCCCUUCUCUCACUGGGUGAGGUCAUCGCACGGUAUGAACCCAAAACCAAGCACUUCUCCCAUUGCAAGAAUCAUAGAUCUAGUUGGCCAGACAAAACCCACAACUUGAAGAGAAUUACAAGGAUAUGAAAUCAUGCAUAAGAGAGAUCAGAAGAAACUCAAAUAAGAUUCAUAGAUAAUCUGAUCAUAAAUCCACAAUUCAUCGGAUCUCGACAAACACACCACAAAAAAUAUUACAUCAGAUAGAUCUCCAGGAAGAUCAUGGAGAACUUUGUAUUGAAGAUCCAAGAGAGAGAAGAAGCCAUCUAGUUACUAGCUAUGGACCCGUAGGUCUAUGGUGAACUACUCACGCAUCAUCGGAGAGGUCAUGGUGUUGAUGAAGAAGCCCUCCGUGUCCGAAUCCCCCUCCGGCAGGGCACCAGAACGUGCCCCAGAUGGGAUCUUGCGGAGACAGAAGCUUGCGGCGGCGGAAAAGUGAUUUCGAUCAUCUCCUGAUUUUUUUGGGAUUUUUAGGGAAUAUAUAGGCGCAACCCCUAGGGUAGAGGGCGCCCAGGGGGCCCACAAGCCUGUGGGCCGCGGCCUACCCCCCUGGCCGCGGGGUGGGGGCUUGAGGGGCCCCUGAGGCUCCCCUGCCUUGGCUCCCAAGCUUCCCGAUCUUCUUCUGUUACGGAAAAAAUCUUUUCGGGGAUUUUCUUCCCUUUGGACUCCGUUUCAAAAUCUCCUCUGAAAGGGGUCAAAAACAUGGAAAAACAGGAACUGGCACUUGGCACUUAGUUAAUAAGUUAGUCCCAAAAAAUAUAUAAAAGGCAUGCAAAACAUCCAAAGUUUGACAAGAUAAUAGCAUGAAACCAUCAAAAAUUAUUGAUAUGUUGGAUACGUAUCACACCACUAGAGGAAAAACAACAUACAACAUAUCAAAUUACCGAACGAAUACCAAAUUCAUAUGACUACUAUUAAGAUGACUUAUCCCAUGUCCUGAGGAACAAAAAUAAGUACUCACAAAGCAUAACCAUAUCCAUGACCAGAGAGGUAAUGAGUAGCAUCAAGGAUCCUAACAUAAACUCUUCCACCAAAUAAUCCAACUAGCAUCAACUACAAAGAGUAAUCAACACUACUAGCAACCUUACAAGUACCAAUCGGAGUAGCGAGAUGGAGAUUGGUUACAAGUGAUGAACUAGGGUUUGGAGAUGAGAUGGUGCUGAUGAAGAUGUUGAUGGUGACGAGUCCCCUCCGAUGAGAUGAGUGUUGGUGAUGACGAUGGCGACGAUUUCCCCCUCUGGGAGGGAAGUUUCCCCGACAGGAUCGUCCUGCCGGAGCUCUAGAUUGGUUCUGCUCAAGUUCCACCUCGUGGCAGCGGCGAAUCCAUGGAAAAGCUCCUCCUUGAUUUUUUUCCAGAUGAAACCCUUCAUAUAGCAGAAGAGGGUGGCAAGUGGGCCAGCAAGGUGCCCACAAGCCCUCAUGGCGCGGCCUGGGGGGGUGGCCACGCCGUGCAGGCUUGUGGCCAUCCCCUGGCGCCGCUCUGGCGCUUCUUCAGCCCAGUAUUUUUUAUAAAUCCAGAAAAAAAUCCUCGUUGUUUUUUACGGCGUUUGGAGUUGCGCAGAAUAGGUAUAUCAACUUUGCUCCACUUUCAGGCCAGAAUUCCAGCUGACGACAUUCUCCCUCUUCAUGUAAACCUUGCAAAAUAAGAGAGAAAAGGCAUAAGAGUUGUACCGCGAAGUGAAAUAAUAGCCCAAGAAGCGAUAAAUAUCAACAUGAAAACAUGAUGCAAAAUGGACGUAUCAAGUUUCUUCUGAAUUCUUAUAUGCAUGAUUUCAUAUCUUUGGAAGUCUCUUCGAAUUAUUUGUUUGGUUUGUCCAACUAUAUUGGUAAUUCUUGCAAUGAGAGAAAUGCUUAGUUUUGGGUUCAAUCUUGCGGUGUCCUCACGCAGUGACAGUAGGGGUAGCGAGGCAUGUAUUCUGUUGUGGCCAUCAAGGGUAAAACGAUGGGGUUUUCAUCAUAUUGCUUGAUUUUAUCCCUCUACAUCAUGUCAUCUUACUUAAUGUGUUAUUCUAUUCUUCAUGAACUUCAUACUCUAGAUGCAGGUAGGAGUCGGUUGAUGUGUGGAGUAAUAGUAGUAGAUGCAGAAUCGUUUUGGUCUACUUGAUAUGUACGUGAUGCCUAUAUGCAUAACCAUUGCCUUAGAUAUCUUCAUAAUUACUUGCUUUUCUAUCAGUUGCUCAACAAUAAUUUGUUCACCCACCGUAUUAUUUUAUUUUAUGAGAGAAGCCUCUAGUGAAACCUAUGGCCCCCGGGUCUAUUUUCGAUAUCAUAUUUUCAGAUAUAUAAAUCAAAAAUACCAAAAAUACUUUGCUGCAAUUUAUUUACUUUAGUUUUACUUUAGAUCUAUCAAUAUUUAUUCCUAUCUCUAUCAGAUGUCAUCCUUGCAAAUAACUCUAAAGGGAUUGACAACCCCUUUAUAGCGCUGGGUGCAAGUGUUUGAUUAUUUGUGUAGGUACUACUAUUGGAGUCUUGUUUGUUCCUCCUACUGGAUUGAUACCUUGGUUCUCAUCAAACUGAGGGAAAUACUUAUCUACUCCGCUACAUCACCCUUUCCUCUUCAAGGAAAAACCAACGCAAGCUCAAGAGGUAGCAAGAAGGAUUUCUAGCGCCUUGCCGUGGAGGAUACAUAGCAAGAUCACCAAGUACCCAUCACAAACUCAUUUCUUGCAUUUAAUUUAUUUUCCAUUUGCCUCUCGUUUUCCUCUCCCCCACUUCACCAAUUUGCCAUUUUAUUCGCCUUUUUCUCGCCGGAUCUCUUUUGGUCUACUUGUGUUACCAUGUGCCUUCUAUUUGCUUGCAUCUUUGCUUGCUAAAAAUAUAUUGAUAUGGAUCCUCAUCCACUUGCUAAUCUUUUCAAGAGAUCCAAUUAUGAUGAACCAAUUGCUAGUGAGUUGAGUGUACUUGAUUAUCUCCAUGAAGUUUUGCUUGAGAUUCGUGAAUCUAAAAAUUGUGAUGAAGUGAUUCAUGAUGUUUCCUUGAAUGAAAAGUAUGAUUGCAAUGAUAUUGCUAUAAAUUCCAUUGAUAUCAAUUGUGCUAAUGAUAUGCAAACCCACAAGCUUGGGGGUUCUAUAUUUGAUGAGUUUGCCAUGACCACUACUUAUUGCAAUGAUCAUGAUUGGGGUGAUAAUUCUUCUUAUGAUCUUGAUAAUUUAUUUAAUAUUCUUGAUGAAUAUGAUAUCGAAAGUGGGUUUGGAAGAGUUUCAAAUUUAUAUAAAAAGAAUACCACAUAUUUGGAGAGUGCUCAAUCUUAUGAAUAUUUUGAUAAAAGUGGGUUUGGAGAGGUCAUGACUUUAGUUAAUGUUAAUCCCACUACCUUGGAAGAUUGUAAGACUUUUAUGCAUGUGGAUCAUGAAAAUAAUGCUUUAUGUGAUAGUUAUAUUGUUGAAAUUAUUCAUGAUGCUACUGAAAAUUACUAUGAGAGAGGAACAUAUGCUUUUACAUAUUGCAAUAAUAUCAAGUUUCUUCUCUAUGUCUUGGAAAUUUUGAAGUUAUACUUGUUUUGUCUUCCUAUGCUAAUUGAUUGUUGUUCCCAUAAUUUGUUUGCUCAAAAAAAUCCCCAUGCAUAGGAAGUGGGUUAGACUUAAAUAUGCUUGCCUUGUGACCCAUGAUGCUCUCUUUAUGUUUAAUUAUUUACCUUUAGGCGAGCAUCAUUGAAAUCAUCAUGCCUAGCUACGGGCAUAAAACAAUAGCGCUUGUUGGGAGGCAACCCAAUUUUAUUUGUUUUGCUUUUGUUUUUGUUUCUGUUUUUGUGUGCUGCACAUAUUAUUACCUCUGUAAUAAUUGUGUUUCCUUGCUUUAAUUAGUGUUUGAGCCCAGUAAUACCUUUGGGAUGGUCUAUGGUGCUUGCAAGUUGAUUUUGCUGAAAAACAGAAACUUUCGCUCUCAGUCCAGAAAUUUUAUAAAUACACUGGAAUGUGCUUUUGAUGUGAUUUUUUACACAAAGUUGGUUUAAAAAUUUCCGAGGUUGUCCUAAUGUAUCACAAUUUUUGGAGUUACAGAAGUAUUCCAAGUAAACAGAUUGCUACAUACUGUUCUGUUUUUGACAGAUUCUGUUUCUUUGUGUUGUUUGUGGAUUUCGAUGAAUCUAUGGGUUGUAUUGGGGGUAUGAACCAUGGAGAAGUUAGAAUACAGUAAAUAUUACAUUAAUAUAAAUAAAGAAUGAGUUCACAACAGUACCUAAGUGGUGAUUUAUCUUUCUUAUACUAACGAAUCUCACGAAUUUUCUGUUGAGUUUUGUGUUGUGAAGUUUUCAUGUUUUGGGUAAUUAAAGAUUUGAUGGACUAUCGAAUAAGGAGUGGCAAGGGCCUAAUAUUGGGGAUUCCCAAGGCACCCCAAGCCAUAUUCAAGGAUACCAAAAAGCCUAAUCUUGGGGAUGCCCCGGAAGGCAUCCCCUCUUUCGUCUUCAUUCCAUCUGUAAAUUUACUUGAGGCUAUUUUUUUAUUCACCACAUAAUAUGUGUUUUGCUUGGAGUGUCUUGUAUAAUAUGAGUCUUUACUUUUUAGUUUGCCACAAUCAUCCUUUCUGCACACAUAUUUUGAGAGAGACACACACUGAAUCGUGAAUUUUUUAAAAUACUCUUUAUGCUUCACUUAUAUCUUUUGAGCUAGGUAAUGCUCUAGUACAUCACUUAUAUAUUUUAGAGCACGCGGUGUUAUGAAAUUAUUAAACUCUCGUACUUCACUUAUAUUAUUUUGAAGGUUCUUUAAACAGCAUGGUAAUUGGUUUAAGGUUAUGAAUUUAGUCCUAAUAUGAUAGGCUUCCAAAAGGGAUAUAAUAAAAACUUUCAUAUUAAGUGCAUUGAAUAUGAUGAGAAGUUUGAUUCCUUGCAUAUAGUUUUGAGACGUGAGUAUGGUGAGAUGAGAGUCAUGCUAGUAAGUAAUUGUGAAUUAGAAAAAAUACUUGUGUUGAAGCUUGUGAUUCCCGUAGCAUGCACGUAUGGUGAACCAUUGUGUGAUGAAGUCGGAGCAUGACUUGUUUAAUUAUUGUCAGCCUUUGUGUGGAGGUCGGGAUCGCGCCAUGGUUAACUCUUACCACCCCUUUUCCUAGGAGCAUGCGUCUAAUACUUUCCUUAGAUAACUAAUAUGCUUUUGCAAUAAGUAUGUGAGUUCUUUAUGACUAAUGUUGAGUUCAUGGAUUAUACACACACUCAUCCUUCCACCUUUGCUAGCCUCUCUAGUAAGCAACUUUCGCCGGUACAUUAAACCCACCUUCCUCAAAAUAACCACCAUAUAUUUUCCUCAAAAUGGACACCAAACCUACGUAUUAUGGCAUUUUCAUAGCCAUUCCGAGAUAUAUUGCCAUGCAACACCACCGUCCCGUUUUUAUGACACGCACCAUCACUUCCAUAUUGCUUGUAGAGUCAUACUUUGUUCUAAGAUAUCGAGUUGUAAUCUUUUAAGUUGUAAGUAAAUAGAAGCGAUGAUUUUACAUUAUUAGAGCAUUGUCUCGUGUGAGAAAAAAAGGAUGAUGGAAGCUAUGAUUCCCUCACAAGUUGGGACGAGUCUCUGGACUUUACAAAAAAAUAAAAGAGGCCUGCGAACCCCAUAAAAAAGGCCACAGAAGGCCAUCCAAGAAAAGAAAAAAAUGAGAGAAAGAGAGAAGGGACAAUGCUACUAUCUUUUUCCACACUUAUGCUUCAAAGUAGCACCAUGUUCUUCAUAGAGAGUUUCCUAUGUUGUCAUUUUCACGUAACUAGUGGUACACAUCUUUUGCACAACAACUUACUUUUCUUUUUGAGCUUUCAUACACUUAUAGCUCUAGUGCAUUUGUUGCAUGGGAAUCCCUACUCACUCACAUUAAUAUCUAUUGAUGGGCAUCUCCAUAGCCCGUUGAUAUGCCUAGUUGAUGUGAGACUAUCUUCUUCCUUUCUUUUUGCAACCUCCACCACAUUCUAUUCCACCUAUAGUGCUAUAUCCAUGGCUCACGCUCAUGUAUUGCGAGAGAGUUGAAAAGGUUUGAGAACAUAAAAAGUGUGAAACAAUUGCUUGAUUUUCACCGGGGUUGUGCAUGAUUUAGAUACUUUGUGUGCUGAAGAUGGAGCAUAGACAGACCAUAUGGUUUUAUAGGGAUAACUUUCUAAGACCAUGCUAUUUCGAAAGGAAGCAAUUACCUUAUUAGUAUGCUUGAAGUAUUAUUGUUUUUAUGUCAAUAUAGACUUUUGUUUUGAGUCCUAUGGAUUUGAAUAUUCAUGCCACAUUAUAAAAUAUUGCAUGGAUAAAUAUGUUAGGUAGUAUUCCACAUAAAAAUUCUGUUUUUAUCAGUUACCUACUCGAGGACGAGGAGGAAUUAAGCUUGGGGAUGCUGAUACGUCUCCAACAUAUCUAUAAUUUUUUAUUGUUCCAUGCUAUUAUAUUAUAUGUUUUGGAUGUUUUAUAUGCAUUUAUAUGGUGUUUUACAUUAUUUUUGGGACUAACCUAUUAAUCUAGAGCCUCGUGCCAGUUUCUGUUUUUUUUCACGUUUUUGAAUAUUGAAGAUAAGGAAUAUUAAACGGAGUCCAAACGGAAUAAAUCUCCGAAAAGAUUUUUCUGGACCAGAAGACACACAACAGACUUGGAGUAGGGGACAAGGCAGUUACCGGGAGGCCACAAGCCUGCAGGGCGCGCCCUGGGAGGUGGCCGCGCCCCCUGGCUUGUGGGCCCCCUGCAGGUCUCCUAACCCUAAUUCUUGGCCUAUAAAUUCCCACAUAUUCCCGAAACACCAAAAAGAGCAACAAGAAUACUUUUACACCGCCGGGAGCCUCUUUUCCCGAGAGAUCCAAUCUGGGAGCCUUUUCUGGUAAUCUGCCGGAGAGAGAAUUGAUGACGGAGGGCAUCUACAUCAACUCCAUUGCCCCUCCGAUGAUGUGUGAGUAGUUCACCACAGACCUACGAGUCCAUAGCUAGUAGCCAGAUAGCUUCUUCUCUCUGUUUGAUCUUGAAUACCAUGUUCUUCAUGACCUUCAUGGAGACCUAUCUGAUGUAAUACUCUUUUGCGGUAUGUUUGUUGAGAUCGGAUGAAUUGUGAGUUUAUGUUCAGAUUAUCCAUGAAUAUUAUUUGAGUCUCUUCUAAAUUCUUAUAUGCAUGAUUUCAUAUCUUUGCAAGUCUAUUUAAUUUAUUUGUUUUGGUUUGGCCAACUAGAUUGGUAAUUCUUGCAAUGAGAGACCUUGUGGAAACGGGCCCGCCUGUUGAGGCGGAAAGAUCGGCCGCUCGUUCGCCAUGGAUGAGCCAGACGACACCUCUUGCUCUACUUCCGCAUCCCUGGAUCUCUUCAUGAUGAGCCUGUUCUGCCAAUCCACCGAUCGGUGGUCAUCACCGCCCGCCGAUGAACGUCGGUCUUCCAUUGCGCAUUCGUCAAGCCCACGGGCCUUGGCGUCUGCGCCCUCCGCUUCCUCGCCUUUGGUACGACGGGUUUGAUGGCUUGGCGAGGGGCGGCGUACUUCUUCGGCGGCAUGGUGGGGGAGAGAAGAUGGUGAGAAUGGAGGGAACAUCGGGCGGGGGGGGGGGGGGAGGAUGUAGAUGAUGGGGAGGGAAAGGGAGGGAAAAGGAAGAAACGAUGGGAAAGUAGACCAGUGGUGCCGAUAGUGCAGCCCCACGUGACUUUUCGGUUCAUCCGACGCUCCAAGGCACCCCAAUCUUGCUCGGUUAGGCCUGGGUCCGCCGGCACCGAUUUUGGCCCAAACCGGCGUAAAACGAGGUCCUGGGUGCGCGACUGGGCGAUUUUCUAGCGUCGACGAUAAAAAAGGGGCCGGGGGGGGGGGGGCUAUUGGGGGUGUGGCUGUAGAUGCUCUAAGCAUCAUGUGUGGAUUACAAAGCUCGAUUUUUAGAAACCGAUUAACACUAUUGAACAUGAUAUUAUCCUGAAAUUCUAAAGUUUAAAGGAUUUGAAGAGAAAUGGAGAGUUCAAAUCAAGGAGAUCUUAUCCUUUGAAACACCUACCAUCCUUUGGAAUGGUGUGCCUAGUAAGAAAUUGCAAUGAAAACAUGGGAUUCAGUAUGGUGACCCACUGUUACACUUCCAUUUGUCUUGGUAGUGGAUUUACCUUAGUCUAUUCUCAAUGACAUGUAUCAUUGUGGGGGUUAUCCUUUCUAGUCCCAUCUUAUGAUCCAAACUAUCCAAUUGUGCACUAUGCUAAUUAUAUGUUGUUGAUUAUGUCGGAUGUUGAUUUCUCAACUUCUUGAACUAAAAUAAAUGUUACAACCUUUUCUAAAUCCACUCGUUUGCAAGUGAUUUUUUUUUUGUAAUCCUCCAUGGCCACUAGUAGGAAAAUGGCCUAUAGCCCGGGACUAAACAACCGGGACUAAUGCAAGCCCUGGUUCGGCCCCGAACCGGGGCUAAUGGUCCUCCACGUGGCGGGGCUUGGAGCGAGGGGGGAAGGGGUAUUAGUCCCGGUUCUUAUUACGAACCGGGACUAAAGGCUCCACCUGAUUUAUUUUAUUUCACCCAAAAAGGUAGAUUUGUUUUUGAUUUUUUUUCACCCAUCCUCACUGAGGACUUAUUCUAAAUCGUCUAACUUCUCGACCGGUCACCCAUCCUCUAACUGCUUCAACCCGAGCACACUUAAUUUUCUGGUUCUAUCGCCCCUAGUUGCCAAGUCUCCACUUGUUGUUUGCCUGACAAUAGUAAGCUAUCAAUCCUAAACAACCUGGGUUCUUGAUGUCAUGUCACAUGAUUUAAUUUUUUGAAUUCAAACAAUUAUAAAAAUAAACAAAAUAAGUAAUAAUAAUAGUGAAUUUCAAUGAAAACAACAUAAUAUUUUUAAAUAAAAUUAUUUUUCCUUAUUUUUCUCGGAAAAAACUUCUUUUUGAAAUAACUUUUUUUACAUUUGGAAUUUUGAGCAUGUGAGAAAAAUUCAGCGGGCAAACUUUUUUUGACGUCGUAUGCAAAAGUUAUGGCCGUUUUACAUUUUUUUCCUUUUUUGCAAAAACGGUCAAAAUUCAUAUCUCAAAAUUUCUAUACCAACUAGACACUAAAACCUAACUACAUCUCAAAGGAUUUUAUUUUUUGAAGACUUUAUCAUUUUUUCUUUAUUUUCUACAAAACUAAAAAAGACGGUCCGCGGGGGGUAGAGUUUGAAAAUUUCAGAAUCCCCCUUUAGCCAAGAGUCCAAUCAUACCCGUCGACUACAUCUGCUAGCACCGUCCCCGCCAGAGUCACAACUAAGGUUAACCAAGCCAGAGUAACCCUUUCUAACUUUAUUUGCUAUUUUUCAUGCAUUUAAUGAUUUUUUGAGCUAAAUGUCCCUAAUAUGGAAAAGCACUAUUAUGAACUCUGAAAAUGUUGACACGUGGCAUGGUAUUAUCAUUUCACCCACAUAGCUUGUGCUAAAAAGUUGAGAGGGUUACGGCAAAAACUGGAUGCACUUCGUGUACAAGCUGGACCAUCUCCUUCGAAGUAUCCAGGUUUCACACGAAAACCCAUCUGCUACAAAGGCAUUUUAUUUUUUACUUAUUUCAACUCCAGAAUUUUUGUGUACUUUGUGCAUUCAAUAUGCACCAUUCAAAACCACAUCCUAAAAUUUCAACCCUUUAUAACUUCAUUUGCUAUUUUUCAUGGAUUUAAUGAUUUUUUGACCUAAAUGACCCUGAAAUUGAAAAGCUCGACAAAUGAACUCUGAAAAGGUUUAAACGUGGCAUGGUAUCAUCAUUUCACCCACAUAUCAUGUGCUAAAAAGUUGAGAGGGUUACGACAAAAACUGGAUACACUUCGUGUACAAAACGGACAAUCUCUUUCGAAGUAUCAGGGUUUCGAACAAAAACUCAUCUCUUGCUAAGGGACUUCAUUUUUUGAACUUAUUUGAACUCCAUACUUUUUGUGUAUUCAAAAUGCACCGUUCAAAGCCACAUCAUAAGUUUUCAACAUUUUGUGACUUCAUUUGGUAUUUUUCACGCAUUUACUUAUUUUUUGUGCUAAUUGACCCUGAAAUUGAAAAGCACUACAAAUGAACUCUGAAAAGGUUUAAAGUUGGCAUGGUAUCAUCAUUUCACCCACAUGGCAUGUGCUAAAAAGUUGAGGGAGUUACGGCAAAAACUGAAUGUACUUCGUGUACAAAACAGACAAUCUCCUUCGAAGUAUCAAGGGUUGAGACGAAAACCCAUCUGCUAGAAAGAGAUUUCAUUUUUUUAACUUAUUUGAACUCCAUACGUUUUGUGUGUUCAAUAUGCAUCAUUCAAAGUCACCUCAUAAAUUUUCAACCCUUUCUUACCUCAUUUUCUAUUUUCCAUGCAUUUAAUGAUUUUUUGAGCUAAAUGCCCCUAAAAAUGAAAAGUGCUACAAAUGAACUCUGAAAAGGCUGAAACUUGUCAUGGAAUCAUCAUUUCACCCACAUGGCAUGUGCUACAAAGUUGAGAGGGUUACGGCAAAAACUGGAUGCACUUCGUGUACAAACUGGAUCAUCUCCUUCGAAGUAUCAAGGUUUCAGACGAAAACCCAUCCGCUACAAAGGCAUUUUUUUAAAAUUAUUUCAACUCUAGACUUUUUGUGCAUUCAAUAUGCAUCAUAUUACAACAUGUUACAAUCUACAGAAAGAGCUAACUAAAAAUAAUAAAAAACAACAAUUAAAUGACUAAAACAACUAUAUAAGCAAAACAAUAUUGUUUUAAUUAAAAACCUAAUUUAAAUUAUUCUAAAAAUAACAAAAUAAAUCUUACCGUGACAACAAUCUAACACAUGACUAGGAGCAAAAAGAAUUAAAUUAAAACUAUUUGUAAACUCAAAUUAUUCACAAUUUAGGUUUGAAGCAAAAUUGAACAAAUUCAAAUUUAAACCAAUCAAAUUUAAAAACUAAUGGCACAAACAGAAACUAGACAAUAUUUUGAAUCUAAUGCAAAAAGAAUCACUCAAAAACAUCAAAUAUCCUAAAAGAUAUAAGCAAUUUAAAACAUAAACUACAAAUAGAAAACAAAUUAAAAAAAAUUCAAAACCCCUUUAGUCAUGGUUCGUGUCUUGAACCGGGACUAAAGGUCCCUUUAGUCCCGGUUCAAGACACGAACCGUGACUAAAGCCUCCAAACCCUUUAGUCCCGGUUCAAGACACGAACCGUGACUAAAGCCUCCAAACCCUUUAGUCCCGGUUCAAGACACGAACCGUGACUAAAGCCUCCAAACCCUUUAGUCCCGGUUCAAGACACGAACCGGGACUAAAGGUCCCAUUUAAACCGGGACUAAUGCCCGACUGGCGCCCUUGUUGCUCGAACCAGGACUAAUGCUAACAUUAGUCCCGGUUCGUAAUGGAACCGGGACUAAUGUGUAAAUUAAGCUGGGACGGAAGCCCUUUUUUCUACUAGUGGGCGCUUAUAAAUGUGGUUGUCGAUGAAGCUUCUCGUUUGGCUAGUUUGUUUGAGUGCCAACUGGGUAAGAUGCCUUUCACUUAUCUUGCUUUACCUAUGUGUAACACUAGUUGCAAGAUUCAUGACUUAAUGCCUUCGGUUAAUAUAUAGAAUGGAAAGGAGAAUGACAACUAUCUCUUCUCUAGUUUCACGAGGUGCUAGGUUGAAACUUUUGAGGUCUACCAUUUCAUCCAUGCUGAUAUUACUAUCUUUGUAGUGUCUAGAUCCCUGUGGCAUAACUAGACAACUAGAGAGAAUUGAGCAGAAUGCCUCUAGUAUUAAUGCUAAUAUCCCAAAUCAACCAUUGUCGACAUUUCAUCUAAUAUAUAGACUGAAGGAGAAUGGUGGUAUGGGCAUCAGCUGGAAAAUUCAACACCAAGCUUUGCUUAGAGAAGACAUGCGCAAAUUUUAUAACAAAGCUCAUGUUCUAUGGUAUAUUUGCUAUGGAAUUAUUACAAUCAUGGACUCAUGCCUCACGCAACAGUCCUUUCUGGCUCUUACGAAUGGAGGAUAUUUUGAAACUUACACUAGAUUCGAAUAGCACUGACCGGCAAAAUAGUCUCAUCACUGACACACUUUUGGCUCGUCCGAUGCCUUGGGCUGAGUGAUGACAUUGUCACCACAGACGGGACAUCUGGCCUCUGAAUGAUGCCUAACCAGUAUUGUCCGCUGGCUGGUCGGUGAUAACAAUUUCACUCACUUUUGGAUGUUUGCGCUUUAUUUAUGUUUGUUUAUAAAAAAUGCAAAUGAAAUUGACAAAAACAUAGGAAUACCAUACACAUGCAUAAAUCAUUCAUUUGCACACUGGAUACUUUGCUUUUCACGCACGAUUCACAUGUAAAUUUACACAGUUCACAUCUACCAUAUAAAGAGUACUAAGCAAAACUGCACACUUCAUAAUACACAUGUCACUGAGGCCAUGUUCGGUAAUCCACCAGAUCUUGGAAUGUGUGGAGCUGGGAAACUGCAGCUCCCGUAUUAUGAACUACAGCUCCACCAGGUCCGCUCCCGGAGCUGUGGAGCGGAGCAUCUCCCAACAUGGCCUGAAUAUACCCAACCUCUUAUCAAACUAGAGAGGACUUACUCCCUCUGUACUUUCUCUGUUUCUAAAUAUAAGUUUUUUAAAGGUUUCAUUAGAGAACUACAUAUAGUAUAUAGACAUACUUUAGAGUAUAGAUUCAUUCAUUUUGCUCCGUAUGUAGUCUUCUAUUGAAAUCUCUAAAAAGACUUAUAUUUAAGAACAGAGGGAGUAAGUCCGCAUGCAACAAAAUUUGUCAAGACAAGUAACAUAAAAUAUCCAUUACCUGAUUUAAUACAUGUAGUUAAGAAUAUCAUAGCUAAGCUCAAUGUAAUUACACCCUGCUCGAGGAAUCUCUCGUCUGCUCCAAAAAGCAGCAGAUAAUAACAAAAGUGGAUAUUUACUGUGUGUCUAGAGAUGACAAAAUAUUUCAAGAUUGGUUUCAAAUCCUAAGAAACUGUUCUUUUCUUGAAUGAUACUCACACUAAGUACACUCAACCCGUAUCCGAAAUGAGGAGUCUAGAGUAGCCCGGACCUACUACCCUUAAGACUUGGUCUUCCCUUCUUUGAUUUUUGUGUAGUGCAACUAAAAGGUAUGUCAACUGAAAAUAUUUUUUUAUCCAGAUUUAGUUGAAUUUCAUUAGCAAUUGAAAAGUGAAGUAAUAUGUGUAGGCCAAAUAUGCCGUUCACUUGAACAAUAUUCCACUCUGUCUCCUAAUGAGGUAGUUGGUUGCGUUUAAAAUAUUUUCUAGCAUAUUCAUCACUACAUUGCCACAUAUAACAUGCAUAAUAUAUAAUAUUUUCUAACAUAUUCAUAGGUACAUGGAACACAUAGAUAUUGUAAGAUUCAUAGCAAGAUAAUUACAUGCAUCCAGAAUUGUAACACAUCCAUGGCAUGCAUAUCACAAUUGAAAUUGCAACAUAAUUAUGAAGUAAUGGAGCUAACCACCGUGGAUGACAACAUUGGGGAUGCAUGAGACACGUCAACAAUAGGGCAGAUCCUCGGGGCAGAGAAACCCCGACAAUGACACAACUACGAUGACUGAUACAACGACCACCCGCGUUGCCCUCGAAGACCCGGUGUCCUAUGGAAGGGUGGUAAUGAAUCGACGGAAAUGCGGCAACGUCCCAACGAGGAAGCUCCAUCGGUCCAUUGGGUCGUCAUACGAGCGACAUCGUCGGGACGCAAUGACCGUGAAGGAAGGUCGUGGGGCCGUUGGCAAGCCCCCCACAUAUAAGCGAACGGAGGAAGAGGAGGGAUGAUAGGUACGCCAACAGGAUGGAAGGACUCCAUGGCGGCUGUGAGGGUAUAGAAUGAAAACAUGGAGUGGACAAUGAUUAAAACAAGGCGCGUACAGAACAACACCAACAUGCUAAAAAUCAAAAGGGCAAGAUUGAAGAUGACAUUACAGACGGGUCAAAUACAGGAGCCAAUUUGAUUAUCUUAGGUCCAAUUUGAACAUCGGGACACCAUAUAAUUGAACAAUAUUUUGUAGACCAAUCUAUGAUAAUCGUCAAGAUGAGCAUAGGGAUACAUAUUACUAACACACCCUCGAGGGUCGGUCAGUGUUAUGGCUGAUUAGUGACGCAUAGUUCAAAGCCGCACAGGGAUGAGGGGCGAAUGCUAUUCUCAUAUGUAGUAUUGUCAACGAUCAAUAUAGGCCAUCUCUUCAUUCAAAGUUAAUAUGGAUGACUCUGCCCUAUUCUUCUCUGCCUGAAUGAUUGAGGGAUCUUCUCGACCUCUUUGACAUCAUUUGGCAAUGCUCUCUCUUUUGCCUUAGAUGUCAAAGUUUCUCUCAAAGAUUUUAUAGAAACGCCUGAUCAGGCCACUCUUUUGCACCUACCAAUUUCCGGUGAGGUGAUGGAUAAGCUGGAACCUCUGGAUGGUUCAUUACAUAGCCUUCAACACAACCAAACAUUGCCUGAUGUUUAUUCUUGGUCAGGAGCAUCAUUUUUUGCUAAAAGCUUCUACUCCAUUGAAAGGACGUGGAUGUCGCCUAGAGGGGUGGUGGUGAAUAGGCGCUUUAAAUGACGGUUUAGGCUUGAACAAAUGCGAAAUAAAACUAAUGUUUAAUUAGUCAAGCACAAAACCUAAAAAAACAAGGCUCACCUAUGUGCAACAAGAACUUAUGCUAAGCAAGAUAAACAAAUUAAGUGAUAGCAAGAUAUAGACCAAGAAACAAUAUGGCUAUCACAAAGUAAAUAGCGUAGGUAAAUAGGCUCGGUAAGGAGUUAACCGAGGCACGCGGAGACGACAAUGUAUCCCGAAGUUCACAUCCUUGCGGAUACUAAUCCCCGUUUGGAGUAGUGUGGAGGCACAUUGCUCCCCAAGAUGCCACUACGGUCAUCGUAAUCUCCUCACGCCCUCGCACAAUGCAAGAUGCCGUGAUUUCACUAAGGGACCCUUGAGGGUGGUCACCGAACCCGUACAAACAAGGUUGGAGCAUUCUCCACAACUUAAUUGGAGGCUCCCAACAACACCACGAAGAUUCACCACGAUGGUCUAUGGCUCCGAGAUGACCUCAAAUGCUCAGGGCAAUCUCCACAACCUAAUUGUAGACCCUGACGCUUGCCCAGAGCUUUACACCAUAAUGAUUGAGCUCCGAGGCAUCACCAAGCUUCUAGGACGCCAAAGCACCCAAGAAGGACAAGCUCUAGGGUACCAAGCACCCAAGAGUAAUAAGCUUCUCAACUUCUCACUUUCAUGUACCACCGUGGAGAACUCAAACCGAUGCAACUAAUGCAAUGGCAAGAACACACAAAGUGAUCAAGUCCCUCACGCUCAAAUCCCUCCAGAACAACAAAAGCUAUGGAGGAAUAUGAGAGGAAGACCAAGGAGCUCACUAAGAACUCCAAGUUCAAGAUCCAAGGGGUUCCCCUCACAUAGAGGAGAAAGUGAUUGGUGGAAUUAUGGAUCUAGAUCUCCUCUCUCUUUUCCCUUAAGAACUAGCAAGAAUCAUCAGAGGGAUUGAGAGUUAGCAUGCUAGAAGAAGGUCAACAAUGGGGGGCAAACACGAGCUCAACAGAUGGGGAACCAUUGGGGAAGAAGACCCCCUUAAAUAAGUUCCCCCAAAUCCAAUCGUUAUGUGCACAGGUCGUGCACAAGCGGUACUACCGCUUGGCUGAGCGGUACUACCGCUGGCACGAAAGUACCGGGCUUCAUAGGCAGAUUGAGAAAGUCAGGGAGGCGGUAGUUCUACCGGUGCGGUACUACCGCUCCUGCCAGCGGUACUUUCACUUAGCACUACCCACUCAAAAUCUGCUCGGAAGACGAAGAUACAAGAGAGCUCAAAAUAAGCGGUAGUAGUAGCGGUACUGGAGAGCGGUAGUACCACUUGAGUAGUACUACCGCUUCCACCGCAGCGGUACUUCCGCUUACGAGAAAAAAACUGCCCUGAUACUAAAAUGGCUACAAACCUGCCGUGCGGAUGAAAGAAGGGUCGGCGCAUUGGGUGCAUGGCUGACCUAAAAGAAAAACAGGGCGGACAAGCCGAUCCAAAUGUAUAAAACACGGACAAAACGAGCAUCCGUUUGGGUCGCCCUGCUGGAGUUGCUCUAACCUCCAUUAGAUAAAUAGGUAAGUAGGUAAGUGUUUUUUCCUUUUUUCCUUUGUUCCCGUUUGUAAUUAUUUAUUGCUUGCUUUUGUUUUGAAGAAAUAAAGGACGGCGGAGCUGUUACUCCAUAGUACUUACAAAAAAUGAGUUUUAUUUCUUGAUUUUCACUAGCAUGAUUACAAUCCUUCUGAAGGAGCUCAUGCAAUGCAUGUUGGAGAUUUAUUCCAAUAGUUGCAUAAUAUGGUUCGAAUGUUGUUGUUAUAUCUAGUUCAGUUAGAUGCUUAUUAUCCAGACCAUCACAAGUUCUUUAGUAAGUGUCUCUACUAAGAAUAUGUGUCAUCCUAUUCUACUAGCAAAAACCGAUGAAAAUGAUGGUAGUGACAUGGAAAAGAUACCACAGCUAUUUUGUUAUUGAUAUAAGUAAAGAAACUGAAAAUUGCAAUUGUCAAUCAGUGGGUCUUAAUGUCAAAUACAGGAAUCUUCCACCCACUAGCUGCGAGACAUCCAUUGCAGUGCUAAAUAAAAUAAACUUUUCCGAUAAUUAACAGCAAGACAAUGGUCCGCUUGUUGUAUAUUAUAAAUAUGGCACAGGUGUUGUAUAUGUGUAGGCCGUGCUAGAAUUUACAUAUGCAUAUAUGCUCCACAACCUAUGCUCGUACAAACACAGAUCAUAGAGAUGCAAAUUAUGCUCUAGUCGGAAAGCAGAGUCAUGGACAAAAGUGAAGUUCACAGAANNNNN